UCCAACUUGGUAACGAUAAUCCUUCAUAGUAAUUUAUGUCCAAGCACUUGAGAUUUGAGUGAGGUUGAAGCUCUUCGAGUACUUGCUCAUCAUGAAUAGUUGGGGGCUCAGUAAAUCCAUCAUUGCUUUCCCAUGACAAACAUAAUUCAUGAAUGUCUGUUUUACCCAUCAAAUUAGCCGCUUCAGCUUCAGAUAAACUGCCCACAUCUUUUAAGCCUUUGAUACUCAGCUUUCCACCAAGGUUUAGAUCACAUAACUCUGUCAAGCUAUUCCCUUUCUCUAAACUAACAAUGUACAUGCUUAAUGUUCUUAGACAAGAUAAUUUGCCAAUGUUAGGAAACAUGAGAGACAAAGAUCGACAUCCUUUAAUGACUAUAUGUCUAAGAUUUUGUAAGCAAGCCAAGUGUUUCGGGAGACAACUCAGUUCACCGCAGUCUUUUAUUUUCAAUAUUUCCAGUUUUUGUAAGUUGUAAAUUGAGUCCGGCAACAUUUUUAUGUCAAGAGAACGAAGUUCCAAAUACCUUAAAUGAAUUAAACUUUCUAGUGAUAAUACAUGGGAUAUGCAUAAAACCCGAAGAGAGCGGUUUAAUGGGAAGUGAUCAUAUUUUUUUGCAAAAAAAUUAGGAUUCUUCAAGUUAAACAACAAUGUUCGCAAGGAUUCAACUUUUUUAAAGGCACCCUCAUCGAAUGAUAACAAAUUAUCGGAGUUAAAACUUAUGUGGUGUGUGCUUUUUGUCAAACUAGUCAUGUUUGCAUUCUCCAAAUACACACAUUCUUGCCCCAUUACUGAUUGAGCGAGAUCAUGGACAAGAUCAUGCAUCUUGAAAAAAAUGUCUCCAGAGUAUUCAUCCAUCUUGAUAUCUUGAAAGAAUGACUUUUGGUACAAUUCCUUCCAAACCAUAUUUCCAACAUCUUCAACGUCCAAAUUACCCUUAGAUGAAAUAAAUCCAUUAGCCAUCCAAAGUUGAAUCAAUUCUUCUUUCAGGAUUUCUCCAUCCUUGGGAAAUAUAGCGCAAAAGGAGAAACAUUGUUUUAGGGUUGGUGUUAAAUAAAAGUAACUCAACCUCAAAGCAAGCAAAAUAGAAUUUUCUUGUGGUAAAGCCCAAAGCUCACUGUCUUUAAUAUCAAGCCAUUCCUUUUCUUCAUUCCUUGAGCUCAUCAAACCUCCCAAUGUUUUUGCUGCAAGAGGCAAUCCAUUACAUUUCUUUACAAUCUCCUUUCCUAUUUCCACAAGCUUUGUAUGCUCUUCUCUGAAAUAUCCAAAUGCAUAUUCUUUGAACAACAACCAACAUUCACUAUCAGAGAGACCAUACAAAGAGUGAGCUUGGCAUGUUCCCAUGAUUGUUGCAACAAAUUUAUCACGAGUGGACACUAAAAUGGAACUACCUUUUGAUCCACACGACAACACAGACUUCAAAUGAUUCCAUUUAUCUUGUGUUAACCCAUAUUCCAAUUGUUGAUUUUGAUUCCACACAUCAUCCAAAACCAGCAAAUAUAUUUUACCUUGCAACAAUUCUUGCACCCUUCUUUCCAAUACAUCUAAAUCAAAGUCAGCAGACUUCUCUCUUGUGAUAGAUUCUACAAUAGAACACAAAAUUCUCUUGACUGAGAAAGUUUCAGAAACGCAAACCCAAAUUUUUUUAUCAAAAUUGCCACUCACCCUAACAUCAUUGUAGACCAAUUGAAGAAGAGUUGUUUUUCCAACACCACCUAAACCAAAAAUGGGAUAGACGGAAAGGAAGUCUGAGUCCCUCGUUUGGGUGAGAAGAAACUCAACAAUCUUUUCUUUAUCAUCUUCUCGUCCAAACACUUUUGGUUCAGCAAUAAUGGAGCUGGUUUGACGCCAUUCAGCUACUUCAUUUGAGCUUUCCUUAACAAUAGUACCCUCCCGUAGAAAAAACUUGUUCUUACUAUCAGCAAUAUCAUCCAAUUUCCUUGUAAUCUCUUUCAACCUGUUGCCGAUCUCAUGGCGAAACAUGAUGUUCUUUGGUUUGAAAGAGGUUAAUCCUCUAAGUUGACCAGACUUGAUUGAACACUCAUCAAGGAUAUCAUCGAGCACAUAAACAGCAUCUUUGAGUUGUUGUAGCCAUACCUUAAUAGAGUGGUCUGUGACUUGUUUCUUUUCAGCAUCUUCAAGAACAGCAUUGAUCAAAUCUAAGGUGGUUGAUAGUUUUUCAGCCUUUGACUUGAUUCUAGAAAUGGUUGAAAAUUCACUUUGUAGGAGAGACGUCAAAUUCUGAAACACAACUCCGAGUAAAGCGUCGGCCAUUUUUUGUGAAAACAAAGAGUUGAAAAUAUAAGUAAAUAAGAAAUUGGUUUAGAUUGAAAGAGUGUUGAAGUAAACAGAAGAACUUUGAGAAUAAAUGCAAUGGUAGUUGCAAGAAUGCAAGUGGUAUUCAAUAAUUGCGAGCAAACAUUCACGUAAACCACACAUUUAUGCAACUUGCAAGGUUCCAAUAUUGAUUGGGUGUUUUAGAACACGCAUUUUCUAUCACAAAUUUUCCCUCAAUUUUUUUUUUUCAAUCACAGAUUUAUUAUCGGGUCCAUUAUUGGUUUCGUUUCAUUUGUCUCUUGUUUUCACACUUGAACUACUUUAACCAAUAAGAUGUGGCCGACAUUUUAUUUAUUUAUUUAGUUGUUCCAUAUACAAUUUGGUCAUGCUCAUAGUUAUUUACUUUUGUGUACAAUUUGGGUCAUGCUAACUUGUAACUUAAUGAUACAUGUUAAACAACCUAAAAGUAUAAAAAAAAAAAAAAAAUCUUAAAUUUCGUACAUUCAAUUAAUUAAAAGAAAAAAAUUAAAUUAAAUGCAUUAAUUACAACAAAAUAUUUUUACAUUUGACUCAUUUACUUGUGUCUUAAGGGCAUAAGUUAACAUUUCACAAUAUGAUAAUUUGAAGCAUAGUUUCUUGUGUUCUCCUUGUACUCCCUCCGUAUGUCACCUUAGCAUAUUUUAUUUUAGCUAAAAUAUGAUUUUGGUCCUUGGAAAUAUGCCUCAUUUUGGUUUUAGUCCCUGUAAUUUUUGUUGUUGUUUUUGUCCAAAUAUGUCUCGUUUUGAUUUUGGUCUCUGACCUCACUUUUGUGAUGAUUUGCACACGCGGCACAUGACGACUGAACCCAUUUAUGAGAAAAAUAGUCCCUAAAAAAUCUUUUGAUUUUUAAAAAGAUCCCUGCAAAAUAUUUUGUUUUUGAAAAUAGUCCCUUAUUAUCUUUUUGCAUUAUUAUAUCCUUAUUUAUUAAAUGGAUUUUUCUAUCAUGUGUAAAUUUGCACAUGUUAAGAAGUUUUAAAUAAUUUAGUGUUGGAACUUGCACAUUUAAUAUUAAGAAUAAAACUUUUUAAUAGUUACUACUAUUAGUUGUUUUAACAUGUGCAAUGUUGCACAUGUUAGAGAAACCUUAAUUAAAUUGCAUUCAACUUAACUACUCCACUAACUACAAUUAAUAAGAGUAUUUUAGCAAGUGAUAUUAAUUUUAUCAUUGAAAUCAACGCAAUUUUAUUUCCUUAAUAAUCGUGCACAAAUCUUAAACGAUUACUCCCUCCGUCCCUAUUUCUAAGCACCUCUUGCAUCUUUAUCUUUAUUAUAUAUAUUUGCACUAUUUUUUUUUAAAAGUACACGUGUCAUUCUCUCUAUGCUAAUUGUCAUUAAAUGUCUUAAUUUGGCCAUAUGUCAUGGUAGUAUCAUUCAUUUGUUUGAUGGUUGAUUUUAUUGAGAAAGGAUUUUAAUUUGUGAAUUCUUAUAAAGAUGUAUAAGGGAUACAAAAUCGGUACAAUAAUUAUAUCAUUAAUUAAAAAUUAUCUUAUUUGGUAUCAUGCUUUCACAAUCUCUAGAGUUUUGCUCAAUUAUUGAUUUAAAUCAAAUUGUAACAAAAACUCAUUUUUGUGGUUGAAAAUUCUUAAUCAUCUCAUUAAAAAAUUAUCAUUCAAUGACAUUUUGACGUGUGUCAUUAUUGUGUAGUUGAACCAAUCAUAUUGCAUCGUUUUGUCUUUUUUGCAUCAUAUUACUUAUUUUUAUAUUGCUUUGCAUAAUAUUUCAUUUAUACUGUUUACCUAUAUAUACUCUGUUGUUAUUCAAUUGUCUCAUUCAUCUAUUCCUCCUCCCCCCAUCAAUCUAAAAAACGAGAUUAUAAUGGCAUCAAGAUCUGAUAACAUAUCUGAGAUCAGCCCUGUGAAGGAAUCAUGGAUCGUGGUUGUUCGGAUUGUCUGUGUUUUGUUUGUUUGUGAUGUCUCUAGAUAUUUUUAGGUUGUAAGCCAAUCAAGCAUUUUAGGAUUAGCCAAUUUUGUAUCAGAUUCUUUAUUUGUUCAUGAUGUCAUUUGCUUUUAUUAUUUUUCCUAUACAUAGUAUAUGUUUCUUUCAUCAUUUCCACUUGCACAUUUCUUUCAAAUAGUGUUGUCAAACUCCAAAAGAUUGUCAUGACACCAAGAUUUGAUAACAUCUAUGAAAUCAACUCGAUUAAAGAAUCAUGAAGCGAGUUGUUCGAAUAAUUCAUGUUUGGUUUGUUAAUAAUAUCAAUUGUGAUAGACACCCGUUCUAUCUAGAUAUGAUUCCCAUUGAUGCGCCUAUUUGUAUAUAAUGAAUGUAAAAAAAUGACAUUUUAAAUUAAUCUAAUUUUUGUAUAUAAUUUAUGCCAUUAUGAGUAACUUGGGUGGUGAUGUAAAUCGUGGAUUGUAUCGAACAAAAGAGAAUGAAUACAAACUCAAUUGUAUAAGUUUCCCAAGACUUUUUUUAUUUUCAUUUUAAUUUCAAUAUGGAUGAAUAAUAACUAUAUUGUGUUUGACAAAUUAUGUAUUUUAAAAUCUCUUCUUUGUCUUCUCCUGAUUUUAAUAAUAAAUUAUAAUUAUAUUGAUACAUUGAUACACGUAAACAUCACUAAUAUGUGCGUACACGUUACCAUCUAAAUAUAUUUUUCUUAUUCACUAUUGUCUAAUCAAAUAUCCACAUCGACACAUAUACAUCUUAAUCGUCUUAAUCUCUAUCUCUAUUAUAAACAUUUACUUUUUUUUUUUUUUUUAAAGUACACAUGACAUCUUCAUACUUCCCAUUUCAUUUAAUGUUUCUCCAUCAACCAAUGAAAAUGAAUCUUGACGUAUUCCUUUUCUAUUAUCCAAUCAAAAUGGAUCAUGACUCAUUUAUUUUUCAUGAGUCAAUCAAAAUUGAUCAUAACAUGAUUUUUUCACUAUAGCAAUUUGGUUUUUUUAUUAUUUUCAUCUACCUCUUCCUCCCAUAAAAAAUCACUGCUUUCAACGCCAUUCUAUUUUCUUUUAUUUGUUUAUUUUUUAUUGUUUUAUUGUUUAUUUAACAUUUCUUAUUGUUAUGUUCCAUUUUAUUGUGAUUUCUUAGGUUGAUGAUUCUUAUUCAUAUUUUCUUUUCAAUAUUAUUUUGGUGUUUAUAUUUUUUUUUCCGGAUAUUUAUUUUGGACAUGAAACCAAUCAAGAGAAAAGAAGAAAUGCAUCACAAAAAUUAGAAUUUAUACGAAGGAUUUCUAUCACCACGUUCAAAUAUAAUCACUUUCAUCCCCCUUUUGAUUUAUUUUAAUCCCUUAAUUCUCACAAUUUUUUCUAUCUAUCUAUUCUUUUUUGUUUAAUUUUUCUUAUGUUGUUAUUUUACUUUUAAAAUCUUUCUCUUUUAUAUUUUAUUUUGGUGAUUUUUUUUUUUGCUACUUUAUGCUUGAAAUGGAAACCAAUCGAUAUAUUAGAAGAAACGCAUCCAUUUUCAUAAAAUUGGUUGAAUCGAUAACUUUCAAGUGAAAAAGAUAAGAAAUACAUAAUAGAAAAUCGAUUUUAUGACACCUUUGAUUUUUUUUUUUUUAGUCAAAAUUAAAAGUUCCAUUUUCUUUAACUAAAAGGGAGCAAGGUGCUACCUUAAAAUUUUAAGUGCAUUUGCAAAAAAAAAAAAAAAAAAAAAAAACUUAACAAUCAUUUAUAUUUUAUUUCCUUCAUCCUAAUUAAACAUUUAAACAUUAGUUGGGAUGUCGGUGUGGCCUCCUGAUGUCUGUCUUUCUCCCUGCUUAGCAAAAAAAUAAAAUUAAACAUUUAAACGAGUUUAUACUAUUAUUAAAAUAAUAUCACAUUAAAUAUUAUUAAUUUAUUAUGAUUUUUAAAUGAAAAAAUAUUAAUUUUUUAUUCACGUCGUAUUUUUUUAUCCAUCAUUCAUUCUAUUAUUAAAACUAAUAAUAACAUAUGCUUUAAAACUGUAUUAAUAUUUUUAUUAAUUCCCAUAUUUAUAAGCGGAAAGUUGUAAAAGUCUUAAAAUGACAAAACUAAAUGAAUUUUUGAUUACUCAUUAAUCAUGUUUCAAUGACCCUUUAAUUUUCACUCAUGUUUCAAUGACAACCAUCAAAUUAUUAUCAAUGUUUUCAAUCAAAUGGACUCAUGUACCCUUUGUCUUAAUUUUUGACCAAUUAGAUUUAACUAAAUCAUCAAAGGUUUCAAUCAUACACGUAUUUGUUAACAAACAAAAUGUAUGCUUUUCCGUUCAACUUUCAACCAUAACAUAGCAUGUUGACGUGACAUUUUUUCUUUUAUUUCAAUGUCUUUAUUGGUUUCCUUUGAUUGUGUUUUUUCUAUGAUGCUAUAGGUUCUUGGUACAAACUCGAAGGAAGAAGAAAAAUUUAAUUUUGUUUAUGGAAACAAAACAAAUUAAUCUAACAACUAAUUACUAACAUUUGACAUUAAAAAAGCAUUUCUUUUCUAUUCAAUUCAGUGAUAGUCUUUGUCCCAUAGUUUUUUUUAUCAUCAUCUUGAAUUUCAUUUGAAAAUAUUAUAGCAUUUAAUCAAACGAUCUUUGUUCAUGUAUAUGACCAAAUACGCUAAAAUUAAUUUGUGAUAAAAUAUUUCUAAGAAUACAACAAUGCCUUAAAUUUUUGUAAAAAAAAAUGCCUUAAUUUUGUUACUAAAGCCUUAAAUAUUAUAUUAUAUACAUUGAAUUUUUUCGGCUUAUUAUAGAAGUUUCUUAUUCAUAGCAAUUUACAAAUUCUUUGUCUUUGACGAAUUGGUACCAAAAAAAUAUUAAGCAAAUUUGUUGUUAAUUUUUUAAAAAUUUACUUUGAAAUUAAACCAAGAACUGAUUCCCAUUUUUAUUAAUAUGGAAUUUAUAUUUAUAUUGUUAAUAUAUUUCAAGCACUGACCUUUAACCACAUAUAUAUGAGUAAUACCGUUAUUUGAUAGAGAUUAAAUUUAAAUUACAAAUAUUUGUGAAGUAAUUAAUUUUUUACCUAUCGAAAUAGGAAUUUUUUUCUUUGUAAAAAAAUUAUAAUAAUUUAACUUGACACAAAUCUAAAUUCCAUAAACUCCAAAAAGUAUAACAAUUUAUACUACCAAUAAAAUUAAUGAAAUGAUCUUUCUAAACCUCUAAAAAGGUAGUUUUAUGCAAAGAGAAAUGUUAGCAACACACAUAUAAAUUUAAACACACGUUUCAACGUCCUCAUUUGAAUAAAAGUUGGAAAUUAAUAUAUCUUAAUGUUUAAUUAACAAUAAAAAAUAGCUCCAAAAAAAGCGCACCAUAUAAGUAUGUUCCUUUUUUUUUUACUCAUAUAAAAAUAUUCUCUUUUCCACUAAAAAAACAUAUUCAUUUUUUUUUAAUAAUUUUAUUUAGGUGAGUUGGAUCCAAAGAGAAAGCCCCUAGGAUAAAAAAAGAUAUUACAAAGGUAUUUAUGUAUUAUCCAUCUAGGAUGUCCUAACGAUGGUAUCGAGAGUUGUACUCACACUUUAAUAGGGGUAGGAGUCAAUUUAUUAUCAACUAAAUCAACAUAUAUCUACAAUAUAAGCACAUUCUCAAUCACACUAUAAAUAUUUUUCUUUAUCUUUAUAUUUAUAAUAUGAAUUAAAAACUCAAUAAAUGAAUAAUUAAAUGUUGGAUUAAAUGAAGAAAUAUUUACCACUAAAAUCAAUAAAUAAAAAGUUUUAAGUAUCACAAUCAUUUUCUUAAUUGCAAUUAUGCGCAUUCAACUACUAUUGAUUCAAUCAUUAAAAAUUUCAAUUAAUAAAUGCUAAAAAGUCAUAAUUAUUUAAUGAAAUAGUUUAAUUUUUUUUUUUUAUCAAUCAAAGAAAUGCAUUAAACAUGUAUGAAGGGGCCUGAUAUGAUAUGAAAUAAAUUAAACUAUCUGAUCCUAUCCUACGCAGGAUAUGAUAUGAUAGGAUAGACUCAUAAUUAUUUAAUGGAGUAGUUUAAUUUAACUAGAGUCCGUUUGAUGGCCAGUAUAGGGAGACAUGAUAUGAUACAUUAAUCAUAUUCUGCUUAAAUUUCAUGUUUGAUGCACCAAAGAGAUAGGAUAAAAUAAACCAUUUCCCUAUCAUAUCAUGACUUUCCUUUGUAAUUUAUAUCCUGAGUAUAGGCUAAGUUAGAAAUUAUCCUGAUGGGAUUAGAAGAUCAUUCCUUAUUUAUUAUCUUGAUAUUCUGCCAUUUUUAAAUAUUGUCAUUUUUAAAAUAGUUAUAGCAUGUAUUUUCUAUUAUAAUUAAUAACAUACCAUUUUUACAAUAUUUAAUUAAUUAUGAAAGCAAUUUUUUCAUUUAAUUAUAAUGAUAUCGUGUUUGUUAUCAUGUGCACAUCAAACACAUGAUAAGAUUAAUGUUUAUCAUGUCAUUAUCAUAUCUUAUCUCUAUCCAACUUUAUAUCAUAUCACGCCUUUGUCAUAUCCUGACCAUCAAACACACCUUUAACAGCAUGAGGAUAUUACAUCAAAAUUCUAAAUAAAGGCAAACUAGAGUUAUAUACAUAGUGAGCUUAUUUAUCAGACAAGAUAUAUCAAUACAUUGUUAAAAAAGCAUACACUCAGAAAGAAAAUUAUCUUCUGUUAAAAAAAAAAGAAAAGCAAACUAUCUUUUAAGGGAGAGAAAGCGAAGUUUAUAUUCUUAAUUGUUUUGAAUCUUUACACAAUCGUUCCAAUAUUGAAUGGUACAAAGUCAAAAUCAUAUUCAAAAUAAAAUCGAUUUUUUUUUAGGGAAGAUCAAUUUUAUUAUGUAAAUUAUUAUGCAUUGAACAUAAAAUUAAUGAGUAUGUAUGUUUUUCAAUAAAUUCAGUCGAAAAAAUAUUUUAAUAAAAAAAUUAUAUUUCAUCUAGCUAGAUAUGAUUUUUUUCCGUUAUUUUUAUUAUAUAGAAAAUAUUAAUAAUAAUUUAUUUUAUAUUUAUUGGCAAUAAAACUUCUUCACGCAGUUUCUGUGAGUAUAACUCAGUUAUUGGCAAUUUGAUCCCCUUAAAAAAAAUAUUAUAAUUUUUUGAUUUUUUAUUUACAAAAAUAAAUAUAUAAUUCAAUUUUUUAUAUUUUAAGAUAACAAAUUGGUACUUUUACUUCUUUUUUUGUCAUCUUCACCGAUCGAAACACAUGUCGACAUUGUUGAUACUAACCGAAAACAAAAGAGUAGUGAAGAACACAAAAGCUUGAAACUAGAUGCAGGAAACCGAAAUAAAAGGUUGUCUUGGUUUUAAAUUUCUUAACUCAUUCUCUGUUUUUACAAUAAACGGUUCAUUCAUUCUCUUUAUGUCUUAAUGUGUCAUUUUUCUUACUGCUAAAACGUUUGAUUUUUUACUUAUUUAACUUCUUCUUUUUUUAACGAGGGAUUAAUUUUUUCCCGUAAAAAUUCUUUUAAUGUAUGUUAGCACUUAACUAACACUUUUAACGCCACUUAGUUAAAUUAACAAUAUACGUGAAAUAUUCAACUAUGGAAAUUGAUUCAAUGACUAUGUUAUCUCUAUUUGAUUUUGUAAGACAAUUAAAUCAGUCUUUUUAUUUGCGUAUGACUAAUUUGAUCCCUACACAUUUUUGUCAGGGACCAAAAUAGAUCUUCAUUUUUACCAUUUAAUCUAAUACAAUUAAACUAUCAAAUUAAGGGGGUAAUUGAUUUGACUACUUGCUUCUUUUUGUUAUAAAUAUUGUUUUUAGUCUCAAUAUUUUCAUGCCAUUUUGGAAUUUAUAUGAAAACUUCGAAACUUCAAAAACUUCAAAAAAUAGGGCGCGUUAGGUGAUGUUUCCGGAUUACAUAAUCCGGAAACCCCCUAAACACCAUUUUUCAAGGUAAAACAGUUCGAAUUAUAUAAUCCGAACUGUAUCAGCACAAAUUCUAAACAUGUUUGUAACAUGGAUAGUCAUUUUAGGGACAAUAUUAAUCUUCCUAACUUUCAUCCUUCCGUUUUUGGGUCAUUAUUACCUGUUCUUAGUCAAAAAUCAAGUUUUCGGGCUACUUGAUGUGAUUGCUCCGAAACUUCCCUAGAAAAUCAGAAAUCCAAAAUUCAAUCGGUUAGACCCAUUUUUCAUUUUUUAAAAUUUUUCAUAUUCUAAGAAAAAUCCGAAAAAAUUUGCAUUAGUUUUAUUUGAUUUUUAGAAUUUUUUUGUGCUAUUUUUAUAUUUUUAUGAUUUUAUUUGACAGGUUUUAAGCAUUUUUUACUUAGUUUUUUUGUUGUUUUUAAAAGCAAAACUCAAAACUGUUAAAAUAUGAGAGAGUCUGAUGGCUGAUUAUACAUAAGAAUUGUCCGGAUUAUAUAAUUCGAAAUAGUAAACAUGAAUCCGGAUUUUAAAAUAUGGAAUGCACAAGGUCAUUUUUGGAAAAAUUACAGGGCGCGGGAGAAGGCCAUAAGGUGGGAAAAAUAAUAGUCAAUAGUUUAUCAUAAUAUUGGGAUAAUUCUAGGACUCCUGAGUGGGCAUAGACUGAGCUGGAUAAUCAUAUAUUAGGCUAAUAUCAACUAUACAAGUGAGAUUGACACCGCAUCUUCAGAUAAAACCUUACGGCAUUAGACAUAUGAGUCAUCUCACUUAUAUGUUUUUUCAAAAUAUACUCAUCCAUCCAAUGUAGAGUGGUAUCUCACACUUGACAACUCUUAAUCAAGUGUGCGACUAUUUGUGUAUGUAAUUAUCUGAUAUUGUCAAAUCAGGUUAAAUAGAGUCACAACAUGUUAAAUAGGUUAGUUUAAGUAGUUUCAUGAAUGGAGAUUUAAGUUCAUUUCUUUCAUGGGAAGAGAGAAAUGAAAAUAGAAGAAAAAGAAUGAAUAUGAAAAAGGAAUUUGAACAUGAGAGAAACGAUAAGGGAAAAUAUAUGUAAUGUGUUUUGACCAUGAGAGUAAAUGGAAUAUGCUGGGUUGUCGGUAAUUAUAUGAGUUUGUUGAAGGAUUUGAAGAUUUUUGGGUAACUACAUUACCAAAAUUUAGACUUAAUUAUAAAAAUAUCACAUCAUUUUAAAUGUAUAAUAAACAUGUAUUUUGUCAACUUAGCAUAACACAUUUUCAAAUAAUAAAGAUUGAAUAAAAAAAGAGCAUGAAAGAGAAUGAGAGAUCCAAAAACUAAAUUUCAAUAUAAGAAAAAAACAAAUGACAUUCAAACAUUAAUAAAAUUAUUCUUUAUAUUGUUGGGACCACAAAGGAUGUUUACACUAAGUUGAAUCAUCAUAUUAGGUUAAGAGCAAUCACACAAGUGAGAUCGACACUACAUAUUAACUUAAAAUGUGUAAUGGACAUGUAUUUUGUCAAUUCAGCAUAACAAAUCUACAAUUUUCUACUGUCAGAUCCCACCAAAGAUCAAAAGUUAAGUAAUUUAAAAUAAUAGAUGUUGAAUAAAAAAAUAGCAUCAAAACGAAUGACAUCCAAAAACUAAAAUUUAAAAAAUAAAUAAAUAAAAGAUAUUCAAAACUAACAAAACCACCCAUCAUAAUGUUUAGACUUCCGGGGGAGUCUAAACUGGGUUGUAUAAUCACAGUAGAGUAAAAUCAACCAUAAAAGUGAGAUUCACACCAUAGUUUUAUUCAAAAUCUAAAGGCAUUAGGUAUAUGGGUCAUUUCACUUAUAUUUUUCUCAUCAUCUACUUUUUUUAUCUAAUGUGAAGCUUUAAUUACAUAUGAGACAUUAGUAUCUCUCUCUGAAGUGUGCGACGACUCUGCAUCUGUAUGAUGGUGACAUGGUCAUAUAUAAGGUCAGAUUGAUGCAUAACAUGAUAAAAAAAAAGGCGGGUGUAUUUUAAAAAGAAAUUUUGACAUGAAAGAAAUGGUAAGGAAAAAAAUAAGGAGUGUGUAUUUUAACCAUGAGAGUAUAGGAAAUAGAGUGAGUUACUGGUAAUUUGUAGGUUUGUUGAAGAAUUUGGAGAUUUUGGGGUUUAUUUACCAAAAAAUUAGACUCAAUUAAAAAAUACACUUCAUUUUCAAAUUUCUACUAAGUAUAUAUUUUGUCAACUCAACAUAAUACAUCUUUUUUCCAUUUCAGAUUCCACCAAAGACAAAAGUCAAGGAAUUUGAAAUAGUGAAAGUUGAACAAAAAAAAAUGUAAGAGAGUGACAUCCAACAACUAAAAUUUAUGAUAAAGAAAAAUUAAACAAAUGACAUCCAAAAGCUGACAUAAAACUUCAUCCUAAUUUUGGAACCUUCGAGGGAUCAUAGUCUAAGUUUGAUCACCAUAUUAGACUAAGAAAAACCACACAUGUAUGACUAAUAUCAAAUCUUUAUCCUAAAUCUUAAGACAUCAGAUAUAUAUGUCAUCUCACUUAUAUGUUGUUUAAAGUUUACCAUAUAUCGCAUCCUAACAUAGAACUUUGACUCACACUAGACACACUAAUAUUUCUUAACCAAAUGGGCAACUAUUCGUGUUCGUAAUCACGUGACAUAGUAAAAUAAGGUCAAGCGGAGGAACACCAUGUUCCAGAAGGUUGGUUGGUGACUGUUUCAUGAAGAGAGUUUUAUAUUCCUUUCUUUUACGUGAAGACAAAAAGGAAAUCAGAAGGAAAAGUAACGGAUUUGAAAAAGGAAUUUGAACAUGAGAGAAGAUAAGGGAAAAAAUUGUGCGUUAUGUUCAUGAGAGUAUAGAGAGUAGUGUGAGUUAUCGGUGAUUUUAUGAGUUUGUUAAAGGAGUUUGAGAUUUUUGGGUAAUUAUUUUACUAAAAAAAUUGAGUCAGUUAAGAAAUGCCACAUAAUUUUAAAUGUCUAAUAAACAUGUAUUUUGUGAACUCAGCAUAACACAUAUGCAAUUUUCCAUUGCCACUUGCCGCCAAAGUCCAAAAGUUGAUGAAUUUAAAUUAAUAGAGGUUGAAUGAAAAAAAUUCAGAUGAAAAACAAUGACAUUUAAAAACUAAAUUUUAAGAUAAAAAAUGCAAACAAACGACAUCAAAAAAUUAAAAGACAAUUUAUUUGUGACUUUCGGGAGAUUCUGCAUCGAGUUUGAUAAUCACAUUAAACAAAGAGAACAAUACACGUGAGUUUAACAACACAUCUUCACCCCAAACCUUAUGAAAUUAGGUAUAUGAAUCAUAACACUUAUAUGUUACUCAACAUCAACUCUUACAUCCAAUGUGACUUUAACUCGCACUUGACACAUUAACAUUUCUUCCUCAUGUACGAGACUCUCUGCAUAUGAGAUCUACCACCAUAAACCAAUUCUGCUUCUCCACAGAGUCGAUCUGAGCUAUGAUACCAUUGUUGGGCCUUACGAGGGAGCCAACACUGGCAUGGAUUGACCCAUUGCACAAAGAACAACCAGACAAAUGAAAAUGAUAUCAAAUCUUUAAUUAAUAUUUUAAAUAUCACGAAAUUCUAGCCCGUGCUUGGCACGGGUUUCCAAGCUAGUUUUUCACAUUUCUUAAGAAAAGUUGUUAGUGCAAUUAAUAUGUCUUUUUUGUGUGUUAAUAUUACCAAGUUGUCCUUUGUUUGUAUGUGUAUUAAAUUUGACUUUUCAUAUUUCAAGACAAGUUAGUAGUAUUAAUUAGGGGUAUGUUUAGGAAAAAAAUUAUAAAUGCAUCUAGUAACUUGAAAAGAGGUUUACAUUUAGGAAAAAGAAUAAAGUCAAAUGGAGUAUUAUUUAGAGACGAAGAGAGUAAUAUAGUUUGAUGGGAAGAUGUAAAAUAAUUUUCAUUGAUUAUUAGUUAUUUAAAACAAUUUUCAUUAAAAAAAAAAGCCUUGAAUAUGUUUUUUAUCCUUAAAAAUAUUCUAAUCUUUUUGUUUUUAUCCCUCUAAUUUUUUUUUUCAAAGAUUAAUAAUGAAUGUUUUUUGUUCUGAUAGGUUUUGAUUGGUUCAACAAAAAGGAGAUGAAAGGAAAAGAAAUGGGAGGAAUUUCAAUUAUACACACAUACGAGCGUUCAAACAAGCGGUUUCCAUUUGUCUGUUUUUAUAUUGUGCUAAUGCGUGUAAAUUAUGAACAAUAGUUUUUAAGAAAUUGAUUUUGAUUACGCAUACAGACAAAUGAAAAUUAGAAAAAUAUCACUACAAAUCUGUGAGAAAGAACUAACAAAUGUUGUGAGCAACCCAAAUAUGCAAAACAAAAAAGUAAUUUAUAUUUGUUUUAGAAUUCAAUUUUGCUUUGCAAUUUCAAGAUUUAACAAUCACUAAAUAAUGUCUAUGUUAAAUAUUGUUUUCUACAUAUAUUAUUAAUGAAACUGAAUUUUUUUUUAAAAAGUUCUUGCACCAAUGGAGUUGAGUCUAAGAAACGGAGUUCGACCCUCACAACUUCGCGAAUCAAUGUUCAAACUAUGACGGAGAACGAUAUUCAUAUUCAGUAUCUGGCAUGUCUCAAAUCAAACUACACAUAUAUUAAUUUAGCUUCAAUUGAAUUGUAGCUUUAACAGUGGUAAUCUACUAGCUUGGUGGUGUAUGCUAAGAUACAAUUUAAACUCAAAGGAUCGCAAGUUUUGAUGAGGGCUGCAUUAUUAAAGAGUAAGGGGAUAAAACUGAAACUCAGAAGGAAAAAAAUUGUGAUUGCUUGUUUUACAAACUCAAAGUGAGAGAUUUUAUACGGGGUGUCAGUAUGAAAGGGUCCGGAAUUGAUUGAGUUUUUAAACGUAGAGCUUGUUCUAAUAGCAAUAUGAGGCAUGGUCUGGUACAGCAGUUUCUCAGUGCAGCCGGAUCGGUUUUGGCGCUGUCUGUUUUUCAAAAACUGUUGUGGGUAUGAAAAUGUGGUGUCGUCUGUUGUAUUUUCCUAUGAUGUUGUGGAAUCAGUUCGCCUAUUUGGUCGAGUUGAAGCUGCUGAGUUGGAAGCAACCUGCAUAAUUAUGCAUAAUUAUGCAGGUGGGGUGGCUUUUUAUUGUUCAGACUUUGUGGUAGUAGGAGACAUAUUUUUAUGGUUUUCUCAAUGUUGGUUGCUUUGGUGUUAAACCAAAGUAAAUUCUGCUUUAACAAUGUGAUGGUCUAUUUUUAGAUAAUCUUGUCAUACUUCUUUUUAUAUAUUUCGCUUUUUUAAAAAACACACACACACUAAACUUUAGUGCACUUCUAGGAUUAGAACUCGAUCCCUUUCAUCUAUCAGUAAGGUUUCUACAAUACAAGACAUUACUAGCUAUGGUAAUUGCAAGAUGAUAUUACUUGCAAAUAGAACAACAAAUACUGAUCUCAUAAAAAGAAAAGCAUGGAAUGACUGGAGUAACAAUAUAUACUUGUUUUAAUCAACAAACUAUCUGCUCCUUGUUACAUUUACUUAUAUUUCAAUGUUCUACAUUUCACAAUAACAAAGCUCAUUAAAUUGCAUGUAAGUAAAUUGAAAUAUGAGUGGUAAAUAUUUAUAUCAAAAUACUUUAUGAAGAAGAGGGAACUAGAUCAAUGAAUAAUAACAUUCAGACUACAAAUCUUAGCUAAGUAGAUCUCUUCAUCCUCAAGGCAGACGAAAAAAACUUCAUUCCCAUGUUUGUCAACUGUUUGUUUUGGUUGCCAGCAGAAGCAUCACAGUUUUUUUUUUUACACGACCCUUGAAGGAUCUGCCGUUAAUGCAGUAUCAGCAAAAAUGACAGAUUGAAGUUUCAACUAAAAGCAGAAUUGUGCAGCAUUUUGGAGGACCUCAAUCAACUCUUGGGGAAGUUCAGAAUCAUACAAACUUUCAUUGCAGCGGAAAACUGCACAGGGCUCUUGCUUUUUGGCGGCGUUGUGGGCUUAACUUGAUCAACCAACUGCCUUCAAAACUCUUAAUCAGAAUGUGGGAGCUUCUUGCAGAGGUCAGCAACAUCCAUUCAUUCCACAACAUAUCUAACACAAACAUAAUGAAAUAACAUUGGUGUCUCAAAUUCGCAUUAUGAAAUGCAAUGGCACCUUUCUAAAGAAUAGAUGUAUUUACACCUAGCUUGUAGCUUGAACAAUGAGUUUUUACUUUUUAUUGCUAACAUUAAGCUCAACAUCACAUUGCAUCCUUUCGUAAGAAACAAUGGCAAAUACAGGAACCCAAUUCUCACGAUAUUUACCAACACCACGAGAAUCAUAAUAUAGGUGGCUUGUGAGAAAGCAAUUGAUUUCUGCAGAGUGAAAUUUAAAUUAGUAACUAAUAUUCUAAGAAAUAUUACAGGAUUAGAUGAUACAGGGAAGAAAUAAAACUAGUCUACCUCUUCUCACAUUCUUCAUGGCAUUCAUCUAACAACCUCUCUACUACUAUAGUAGCAUUUUCUGGCUGAGUAUAAGAAAAAAAAAAUAAUUUUAUAAGAAAUUGACAUUUAAGAUUGACAUAAAACGAUUCAAAAUGAGUGACAACCACUGAAAAAAUCACCUUUCAAAGCAACAAAUCAUGUUGAUAGUACAGACAAAAUGUGGAUCUGGAAGCUUGACCUUCAUUAUAAUGUUCUUUGUCUUCUCAAUAAAACUUUGAUUCCAAGUCACACACUCUACUCCUUAAUUUGUCCAGUUUUAGAAGCUACUUCAAUGUACUUGAAGUGAAUAUCAUCGAAAUUGCAGUCAAUCAUCGAAACGAAGCCAUGAACCUUACUUAGAAAAUUAUCUUCCCAAAACUAAACAUUAUGUUUAUACAUUUAAGCACUCAAACAUCUAAAUUUCAGUGCUACAAAAGUCUUACCAAAAUUCUGACUCGAAACUAUAGAAAAGGAAAUUCUCAACUAAAUUUACCCUAAAGGAUCACCUAAAAUCAGUACUAAGAAAUUAUACUUAUUAAUCAACUCGCCCUGAACCAAGGUUCUAAUUAAAAAAAGCUUGGCUAGCAAUCAUUAAUGUAGUUAACGUCUUACAAAAAUUGCGUCAUCAAUGCUCUAAACACAGUGUCGUAAAAUCAAAUCAAAACAUUUCAUAGAAGAUAGAACUAUAAAAGGGACAUAUACCUUUGGAAAACAUUGAAAACCUCCACCCUUUACAUUUAGCAAAGCCAAGUAGAGGACUCUAUCAGGAACCACUGCUGCUAUCAUAAAUCCUGUUUCAAUUGGCAAACAUAAUUAACUUAAAUACAAACAAAUAAACUUCACCUAACCAAAUCUUAGAACAAACCAUCUGAAUUUUAAGUAAAUCAAAGGCUCACUAAAAAAGAAAAAAAAAGCACAUUCACAAAAUACUAACCCAUUUAGUGCCCAGAAACAUGAGCCUUUUUCCAACCUUAUCCAACAAAGUAAUUGCAUCCUUUGCCAUGAUCUUUGUUCUGCACCCAACAAUCAUUCACCAAUAUUCAAAUUUCCAUUUCACCUUUUCUAAAUCAUUCAAACUUAAUGCAGCACCAAAACUUCAGAUUGAUGACAUGUAUGAUGUUCAUACUUCAAAUACCGAUAUGACAUUGACCCAUGUAAUUACGUUCAAACACUUUCAUUUUAACAAAUUAUUAUCAAAAUUAACAAAUUAUCAUUCAAAAUAACGUAGCACCAACACUACAUAUUGGUGUCUGAUGUUCAGAUACUGAUAUGACACCAACCCUAUAAUUACAUUCAAAAACUUUUAUUUCUUCAAACUAUUAUCAAAAUUAAGCAAAGAGGAACCCAAACAAUAUACCAUUCAAAGAAAGAAUCUAAAACAAAUAAAUAAAAAAGACCAAUAAAAAUGGAGAAAACCUUGAUGAUCAGAGUUGCUAAUGGGCACGCAGCUCUGACCCACGCCCUCACUAUCAAAAUCGCAAUCCUCGAUACCACCACCGGACUCGUUGUCACCUCCUCCACUCCAAAAGACGUUCUCUUCAUCAUUAGGUACGUUUGUUACGGUUAAUCCCUUGUGUGUUGAAGGCAAUCCUAACCAUUCAAAUCAAUCUCCAGAAAAUCAUUAAAAUUAAAAAAAAAAAACAUGAUGAAGAAAAUUACCUGAAUUAGAACAUUUAUCCUUCUUAGGAUGAACAGUAAAAUAUCUUUCAUGUACUCUGGAUCUCUUCCUGCGGAAUGGGUUCCAAAGAUGUCGACAAUGAGAAUAAAAAUAAAGAUUUUUGAGCAGUUGAAAUCCAAACAUAAGAAGGGGAAAUUGAGAUCCUACAAGUAAAAUUGAUUUUUGCGAUGUUGAUUGUGGCAGAUAAGGGUAAACGUCUCUGCUUCUUAAUCCUCGGUAAACUGUAUUAUUGGAAUAUGAGCUAUCUUGUCCCAAUCCUCCCCUGUUCCCUCUUUGCAUCGUUCCUCUAAUGUUGGGCAACCCUCAAUUGCCAGAAGCUCAAGUGAAGUGAGGUGUCGAAUACCCUCCGGCAAGCAUCGCAAUCCUUCACAAUUCCAAAUCCUUAAAAUUCGAAGGGAUUGAAGACCUUCCCAAUUUUGCUCUGGUAAGGACUCCAAUUGAGAGAAACAAUAUACAAACAGAGAUAGAAGAGAAGUAAGGUUUUUGAACAUCCCCUCUGGGAAGGAUGUUAUUCCUUCACCGUCACUUAGGGCAAGCUGAGUAAGACCACAAAAGGUAGAGAUUGACCUCAGUAACUCAUUGUUACAUGGAUCGGCAACGAGGUCUUUAAGAGAUGGAAGACAUGGCAGUCCAAUUUUAGGGCAUUUCCAAAUAUCCAAACUAGAAAGACAAGGAAACAUCUCCCCUCUUUCAACUUUCAAUAAACCCUCUAUGUUUGGUAACUUAUAUAAUACGAGUUCCUCCAGAGAUGGGAAAAUCCUCACCUCCAUACCAUCCUGAGAUUCAUCAUCAUCCAAGUAUUUCAGAUUAUCCAUAUAAGAUAAUUCCAGUUUUUUUAGAGAUGGUAGUUUACCAAGUAACGGAAGCCGCACAAUCUUGUUGCAAUCCUCAAGUUUAAGAGAAAUUAAAUUACUAAGAAUAAUUAUCCAACUUGGUAACGAUAAUCCUUCAUAGUAAUUUAUUGUCAAGCAUUUGAGAUUUGAGUGAGGUUGAAGCUCUUCGAGUACUUGCUCAGCACUAAUUAUAGAUUCCUGUUGCGAUAUCCAUGACAAGCAUAAUUGAUGAAGGUCUUUUUUACCCAUCAAAUUAGCCGCUUCAGCUUCAGAUAAACUGCCAACAUUGUUUAAUCCUUCGAUACUCAGUUUUCCACCGAGUUUUAGAUCACGUAACUCUGUCAAACUAUUCCCUUUCUCUAAACUAACAAUGUACACACUUAAUGUUCUUAAACAAGUUAAUUUUCCAAUGUUAGGAAACAUACUAGACAAAGAUCGACAUUCUUCAAUGACUAUAUGUCUAAGAUUUUGUAAACAAGCCAAGCGUUUCGGAAGCCAGCUAAGUUUAUCACAGUAUUUUAUUUUCAAGAUUUCCAGCUUUUUUAGAUUGUAAAUUGAGUCAGGCAACUUUUUUAUGUCAAGAAAACGAAGUCCCAAAUACCUUAAAUGAAUUAAACUCCCCAGUGAUGGCAUCCGGAUAAAGGAUGCGCAUAAAACCCGGAGAGAAAGAUAUGCUGGGAAGUUAUCAUGUUUUUUUUGGUAAGAAUAACUCAACAAUGUUCUCAAGGAUUCAACUUUUUUGAAAGCAUUUUCAUCAAAGGAUAACACUUUGUAGUCAACAACAAUGUGGUGUGUGCUUUUUGACAAACUGGUCAUGUUUUUGUUCUCCAAAUGCAUACAUUCUUGCCCCAUUAUUGAUUGAGCGAGAUCAUGGACAAGAUCAUGCAUCUUGAAAGAAAUGUCUCCAGAAUAUUCAUCCAUCUUGCCAUCUUGAAAGAAUGAUUUUUGGUACAAUUCCUUCCAAACCAUGUUUCCAACAUCUUCAACGUCCAAAUUACCCAUAGAUGAAAUAAAUUCAUUAGCCAUCCAAAGUUGAAUCAAUUCUUCUUUCAGGAUUUUUCUAUCCUUGGGAAAUAUAGCGCAAAAAGAGAAACAUUGCUUUAGGGUUGGUGUUAAAUAAAAGUAACUCAACCUCAAAGCAAGCAAAAUAGAAUUUUCUUGCGAUAAAGCCCAAAGCUCACUGUCCUUAAUAUCAAGCCAUUCCUUUUCUUCAUUCCUUGAGCUCAUCAAACCUCCCAAUGCUUUUGCUGCAAGAGGCAAUCCAUUACAUUUCUUUACAAUCUCCUUUCCUAUUUCCAUAAGCUUUGUAUGCUCUUCUCUGUAAUAUCCAAAUGCAUAUUCUUUGAACAACAACCAACAUUCACUAUCAGAGAUACCAGACAAAGAGUGAGCUUGGCAUGUUCCCACGAUUGUUGCAACAACUUUAUCACGGGUGGACACUAAAAUGGAACUACCUUUUGAUCCACACGACAACACAGACUUCAAAUGAUUCCACUUAUCAUGUGUUAGUCCAGAUUCCAAUUGUUGGGUUUUGUUCCACAGAUCAUCCAAAACGAGCAAAUAUUUUUUACCUUGCAGCACUUCUUGCACCUUUCUUUCCAUUACAUCUAAUUCGAAGUCAGCACACUUCUCUCUUGUGAUAGAUUCUAUAAUGGAACAACAAAUCCUCUUGACAGAGAAAGUCUCAGAAACACAAACCCAAAUAUUUUUGUCAAAAUUGCCACUCACCCUAACAUCAUUGUAGACCAAUUGAACGAGAGUUGUUUUUCCAAUACCACCUAAACCAACAAUGGGAUAGACGGAAAGGAAGUCAGAGUCCCUCGCUUGGGUGAGAAGAAACUCAACAAUCUUUUCUUUAUCAUCUUCUCGUCCAAAUACUUUUGGUUCAACAAUAAUGGAGCUGGUUUGACGCCAUUCAGCUACUUCAUUUGAGCUUUCCUUAACAAUAGUACCCUCCCGUAGAAAAAACUUGUUCUUACUAUCAGCAAUAUCAUCCAAUCUCCUUGUAAUCUCUUUCAACCUGUUGCCGAUCUCAAGGCGAAACAUGAUGUUAUUUGGUUUAAAAGAGAUUGAUCCUCUAAGUUGACCAGACUUGAUCGAGCACUCAUCAAGGAUAUCAUCGAGCACAUAAACAACAUCUUUGAGUUGUUGUAGCCAUACCUUAAUAGAGCGGUCUGUGACUUGUUUCUUUUCAGCAUCUUCAAGAACAGCCUUGAUCAAAUCUAAGGUGGUUGAUAGUUUUUCAGCCUUUGACUUGAUACCAGAAAUGGUAGAAAAUUCAUUUUGAAGGAGAGACAUCAAAUUUUCAAACACAACUCCGAGCAAAGCGUUAGCCAUUUUUUGUGAAAACAAAAGAGUUGAAAAGAUAAGAAAAGAUGAGAAAUUUGUUUCGAUGGAAUGAGUGCUUAACUAAGCAGGAGACCUUUGAGAAUAAAUGCAAUGAGAGCAGCAAAUCAACAAGCAGGUGCUCAAUAAUUAUGAGCAAACAUUCACACGUAAACCACAAAUUUAUGCAACUUGCUUGCAAGGUUCCAUUUAUGAUUGGGUGUAACCCACAUUUUCAAUCAGAAAUUUAUUAGCGGGUCCAUGAUUGCUUUUAUUUGUCUCUUUGUUUUCACACUUGAACUACUUUAACUAAUAGAUGUGGCCGACAGAAUAAUGAUCUUUGGGAAAAGUUUAUGAAUCUAGUCCCUACACAUUUUAUUUACUCCCGUCUUUAACGUAGGCAAUUAUUGCUUUUUUCACAUUUUUUUAGUGUAGUUAAUGUAUCUAUUUUGUGUGUUAAUAUUACCAAAUUGUCAUUUGACUUUUUCAUAUUUCAAAACAAGUUAUUAGUAUUAAUUAGGGGUAUGUUUAGGAAAAAAUAAUACUCCCUCCGGUUCUUAAUAUAAGAAACAAUUGACUUUUUUGGUUCAUUGUUUAAGUGAUGUAUCUAGUCUAUAUUUUUAAUAAAAUACAUUAAUUAUUCUAUGAACCUAAAAAGUUAACUUUUUCUUAUAUUAAGGACCGGAGGUAUUAAAUGCAUCUAGUAAUUUGAAAGGGGGUUUACAUUUAGGAACAAAAAAAAAAGUCAAAUGAGGACUUAUAUAUAGGGACUGAGGGAGUAUUUAGGUACCGUUUGGUCAGAUUUUUUUUCGGUCUAAAAGCUACUUUAAAACAAAGUAAAAAUAAAGUUCUUUAAGAAAAAAGCUAAAGCUGUUUGGUUUCUUUAUUUUUUUUAGUUCUAUAGUUAUUUUUAAGUUAAAAGUUGUUUGACAAAAUAUUAUACAAAACUUUGAAUUUAUUAUUUUUUUGGUGGUGUCCGGGAUUCGAACCCGCGACCUUUCAUAUAUUUAUUCAUUGUCUAUAUCAACUGAGUUAAGUUAUAGAAUAUUUUGUUUUUUCAUUUCCAAUUAUACUGUAUAACAAAUUUUGUUAUAAGAAUAUCAUAUUUUUGGUGUCAUUUAAAAAGAUAAGAAUUUAUAUUAUAUGAUAUUAUAUUUGAUUUUUUUUUUGAAUAAGAUAUUACUCCCUCCAUUCUUUUUCUUUUGAUGUUUUAGAACUUCAACUAUAUUCCAAAACAUUUGAUGUUUUAGUGAAUUUAUUAUUGUUUUCUCAAGUUUACCCUUGUUGGAAAACACAAUAAACUAUUAAAGUAGUUGUGACCUUUGGUUUAUCACAUGUGAAUUUAAUGAUAAAUAAGGACAUUUAAGUAAAAAACACACAAAUGUUUAUAUACUUUAAUUACUCCUUAAAACUUGUGUCAAGAGCUAAAACAUCAAAAGAAAAGGAAUGGAGGGAGUAUAUUUGUUACAUUAUUGGUGUCAUUGAAAAAGAUAUGUUUAGUUUUUUUAAUAAGAAAAAGAUAUGCAUAAUUUGUUACAAUAUAAAUGUGUAAAAUAUAUAUAAGUAUAAUUUUUUUAGGCAUCUAUACUAGUACUUUUAAUUAAAAUCAAAAUUUUAUAAAAAUAAGGCUAAAAUAUGAUUUUAAUCCCUGCAAAUAUGCCUCGUUUUGGUUUUAGUCCCUGGUAAAAAAAAAUUUGUUUUUGGUCCCUGCAAAUUUUUUUGUUUUUGAAAAUAGUCCCUUACCCCAAUUUUGUGAUGAUUUGCAUACGUGGCACAUUAUAACUGAACCAAUUUUCUAGUUUUUGGUCCCUGCAAAAUAUUUUGUUUUUAAAAAAGGUCCCUGCAAAAUUUUUUGUUUUUGAAAAUAGCCCGACCAAAAACAAAAUUUUUCUUUACCAGGGACUAAAACCAAAACGAGGCAUAUUUGCAGGGACUAAAACCAUAUUUUAGCCUAAAAAUAAUGAUUGUAUGCAUUAAGCAACACUGAAAAAAUUAUACGCAUUAGCAUAACAAAAAAAAACAGACAUACAAACAUAAAAUAUUACUCUAAACGCUAAUGUGUGUGUGUAUUUGUGAGGUUGAAGAAAGGGAAUAAAAAUAUUUGGUGUGAUUCAAUAACAACAUGAAUAGAAAUAUUUGUGAGGUUGUGAUAAUUAAACGAUAUUAAAAUUAAGGGUUAAUAGGCUUUUACCCCCUGCCAUUUGGGCGACAUUUGGUUUACCCCCCUGCAAAAAAAAAACUUGUAGAUUCCCACUUGUAAUAUGAAGAUUCCUUGGUUUACCCCCCAAAGCCAAUAGUCAGCGUCUGACUGGAUAAAAAAGGUGACGUGGCGUGCUGAGUAGGUAUUUUUUGUUUUUAUGUUUUUUUUUUAAUUUACAACUAGAUUAUUAAAAUUUAAUUUCCCCCAAAAUUGAAAAAAUCCAAAAGUCCAAACAUUUUGUUUAUUGGUAUACCCCCCUCUCAUUUCCCCCAAAACUUAAAACCUAAUUUCUCCAAUUGAGAAGAAGAAACGGACGAAGAAGAGAAACAGACGAAGAACAAAGGGACGGAUUCAGAAUCGAAGAGUAACAACUGGGGUUAGGGUUUCGAUUCGAAGCAAGAUUUCUGCGAUUCGAAGCAAGGUUUCUGCGUUUUAGCGAUUUUGAAGCAAGAAUACUGCGAAUCUAGGAAGCUGCGAUUUUGAAGAAAGAGGGUUUCGAUUUACGUUAUUGCGAAUCUGGACACGAACGGAGAAAGAGUAAGCGAAGUGAACGGGAAGGUUGGAGACGAAGCUUGUGGUAAGUUUACUGAUUCUCUCUUUCUCUUUAUGCAUGCGUGUCUCUGUGUUGUUAGUAUUUGUAGAUGGUAAAGAAAGGGAAAAUUGUAUGUUGUGGUCCCAAAAGUCUGAUCCUAGAUUCCAUUAUUGUCUGUUUUCCAUGUGCAAAAGUUCCAUUUUUAGGGAUUAUUUAUUGAAGCUUUUUGUUUUGUGUGAGUUGUUGAUAUUAACCUGGUUUAAACCAAUGGGCUGCAGACACGUGUGGUUCUGAUUUUGAAUAAAAAAUUGUUUUUUUUUUUACCACAGAUAAUGGUUUUGUUUGAUGUUGUUUUCCAUCAUGGUGGGGAGUUUGUUAUGGAUAAGCGUAUUUUUUAUAGAGGUGGUGUACAAACUGUUGUGUCUGGUCUUGAAAGUAACAACUGGGGUGUGUGUGAUAUUCAGAAUACUGUGGCUUCUUGGGGAUAUGAGAAGAAUAAGUUUAGGGUGUGGAGUCAAAUUGAAGUGAUUUUUGAAGAUUUUUUUCAAAUCAAUGAGGACCAUAUUAAUGAGGAGGUUUCUGGGUAUUCAGUUGCUAACAAAGUAGAUGCACAUAUCUUUGUUGAGCACAAUGUGUUGGAUAUAAGUGUCAAAGUAGAUGUACCUAGAUUUUUUGAUUUGGAUGUAGGGUAUGAUGAGGAAGAUGUUAUGGUUAGCACUGAUGAUGAUAGUGGUAAAUUUGUUGGGUUUGAUGAUAGUGAGGAUGAAAGAACCACUGCACUUGAAGAUGGGUUUGAAGAUGUUGAAGUUGAAGCACCUACUAAUGGUACCAACAGAGUCACAGUUAACAACAAAACAUUAAGGAUCAAGAAGUGUGGUUCCAAAACACCUAAGAAAAAAUCUCCUAAGAAAAACAAUAGUGGCAGGAUGAAUGUGAUUGCACCAGUGUCUCUUUUGAAGAAUGGGAAAGGGAAGUAUGUUGUAGAUGAAGAAAUAGAUGGAGAUUACCUUAGUGAAGAGUUGGGUAGCUCAGACCCUGAUGACUCAAAUGAUGACACAAUUAAAUAUGACCAGUUUAGGAUGCCACAAUUAAAUAAGGAUUUUAAGUUCAAGAUAGGUAUGGAAUUUAAUACUCUGGUAGAGUUUAAAGAAGCAAUUAUUGAGUGGAACGUAUUAAAUGGUUACCAAAUUAAAAUGCCAAAAAAUGAAAGUUACAGGGUAAGGGUGGAGUGUAGGGACCAAUGUGGAUAUAAGGUUUUAUGUUCAAAGGUGGGUGACAGAAGGACUUUUCAAAUAAAGACAUUAGAGGGGCCCCACACUUGUGCACCAGUGUUGGAAAAUAAAAGUGCCAAUUCAAGAUGGGUUGCUAAGAAAGUUGUGCCAAAAAUGCAAGUCACCAAAAAGAUGAGUGUACAAGAGGUCUUUAAUGAAAUGGCUGUUAAUUAUGGUGUGGGUAUUACCAUGGACAGAGCAUGGAGAGCAAGGAAGAUUGCAAAGAGCAUAAUUGAGGGUGAUGCAGAUAAGCAGUAUGCAAUGAUAAGGAGGUAUGCAGCUGAGUUGAAGAGAGUGUGUAGGGACAAUAAUGUGAAAAUAAAUGUUGCUGGUCCUUCUGCAACUAUUCAACCAAGGUUUGGGUCUUUUUAUUUCUGUUUUGAUGGGUGUAAGAAAGGGUUCAUAUCUGCUUGCAGACCCUUUGUUGGAGUGGAUGGCUGCCACUUGAAAACAAGAUAUGGGGGGCAACUGUUGAUUGCUGUAGGAAGAGACCCAAAUGACCAGUAUUUUCCACUAGCUUUUGGGGUAGUUGAAACUGAGUGCAAGGAAAGUUGGAAAUGGUUCAUACAGUUGCUGAUGGAAGAUAUAGGUCAAGAUAAGAGAUAUGUGUUCAUAUCAGAUCAACAAAAGGUAUGUUUAGAUCUAUUCAUGUUUUAUCUAUACAUAUAUGUAUUCAAUGUUUCAGAUCUGAUGAGAUCUAUAUUGAUUUACUAUUAUGCAGGGGUUGCUGUCAGUUUUUGAUGAGAUGUUUGAUACUAUUGAUCAUAGAUUGUGCCUUAGACAUUUGUAUGCUAAUUUCAAGAAGAAGUUUGGAGGAGGCAGUCAAAUAAGAGAUUUGAUGAUGGGAGCUGCAAAGGCCACUUACUAUCAAGGAUGGUUGGAAAAGAUGAAUGAACUGAAGAAGAUAGAUCUGGGAGCUUGGGAAUGGUUAAUGGCUGUAGAACCAAAAAAAUGGUGUAAGCAUGCUUUACCCUUUUAUUCUAAGUGUGAUGUACUGAUGAAUNACAUAUCUGAAUCCUUAAAUGCCACAAUAUUAUCUGCUAGAGAUCAACCUAUUAUUAGUAUGGCUGAGUGGAUUAGACAUUAUCUAAUGAGAAGAAUGACAACAUCUGCCACUAAACUUCAAAAGUGGCAACAUAAUGUGAUGCCUAUGCCUAGGAAAAGAUUAGAUAAAGAGAUAACAUUAGCUGCUCAUUGGAGAUCAACUUGGUCUGGAAUAGGUGAACAAUUUCAGGUUAUGCAUACAUAUAACCGUCAGCAAUUUAUUGUUGACAUUGCAAAAAGGAGUUGCAGCUGUAACUUUUGGGAGAUAGUGGGAAUACCUUGCAGACAUGCUGUUUCUGCACUUGGUAAAAGGAAGCAAAGGCCUGAAAUGUUUGUUGAUGAUUACUACUCUAGGACUAAGUAUGCCUUGUGUUAUAGUUUUGCAAUUAGUCCUAUUAAUGGUAUGGAUAUGUGGCCUGAGGUAGAAGCUCCUGAACUUUUACCUCCAAACUAUAAGAAUGGACCAGGAAGGCCUAGAAAGCUUAGGAUUAGAGAGUUUGAUGAAAAUGGAUCUAGAAUGAGGAGGCAAGGGGUGGCAUAUAGAUGCACAAAAUGUGAUCAAUUUGGACACAAUCAAAGGAGAUGCAAGAGUGAUGUUCAGAAUCCAGAGGCUGCAAAAAGGAAGGUAUGAUGAUUAUGUACAAAAUGUGAUUAAUUAUACUCUCUGAUUAUGUACAAAAUCCUAACUUAUGCCUUUUUAUGUUUGUUAAUGUUGUAGAGGAAAACACCUAGAAGGAAGAACACUUCAACUGCUACUGAACCAAUGCAGACUGACCCAAUGCAAGCUGAAGUUGCAGCUGCUACUGAACCAAUGCAAGCUGAAGUUGAAGCUGGUACUGAACCAAUGCAAACUGAACCAAUUCAGACUGACCCAAUGCAGGCUGAAGUUGCAGCUGGUACUAAACCAAUGCAAGCUGAAGUUGAAGCUGGUACUGAACCAAUGCAGCCUGAAGUUGAAGCUGGUACACAACCAAUGCACACUGCAUCUACUCAAGAUCCACCAAGGCACACCACAAAAAUUGUAAAAGUGAAAAACUCUGAAGCUCCUUUCAAGAUACAAAAAGUAGUCACCUCUGAAGCUGCAAAUGCUUUACCAGAAAAAAUUGUUACAGAAUUUUAUGAAGCCCUUCCUGAAUCACAACUUGAAACUAGCCUUGGGCCAGAUGUGUUUGAUGACCUGGAUGACAGUGUAUUGGCAGCCAUCACUGAUCAAAUGUUUGAAGCAGCAGAAAAAGAAUUUAAUGUUGUGAAUGUUGUGAAGAGUAGGAAUGAACAGAAAAAGAAAACAUUGGGGUUGAAGAAAUCUGUAAAAGCUGGUAGGAAGAGUUCCAGGUUGAUGAAAUUGAAGACCAAGGCAAUCAAAGGUGCUGGCUCCAGUAUGGAUCAACCUAUGGUCCUUGAUGAGUCUGAAGAGGGCACUUUGACUCAGGAGGAUCAUGGUCUGAUUAAGAGUGGGACAUGUUUGUCUGUGCUAAGAGGCUUACCAAAAUUGGUUAUGAGAUCCUCCAAGCCUAAUUGAAGAAGCACAUAUUCAUUCUAGGCCUCUGUUAGGUUCCUGCUUGUUAAUGUUUUUGUUUAAGUUUUUUGAUGUAAUGACUUAUGCACUUUAAGUGCUUUUAGUUAAUGUAAUGACUUAUCCACUUUAAGUGCUUUUGGUUGAUGAAUCUGAUUAUGCACUUUAAGUGCUUUUGGUUAAUGUAAUGACUUAUGCACUUUAAGUGCUUUUGGUUGAUGAAUAUGAUUAUGCACUUUAUGCACUUUAAGUGCUUUUGGUUAAUGUAAUGACUUAUGCACUUUAAGUGCUUUAUUGCUUAUGUUAUGGCAUGUUUAGAAUGAUGAAAAAAUUACUUCAAACAUUUUUCAUUAAUAUCUAAAGGAGUUACAUUUUUCAUUUUUCAUUAAUAUCAAAAGCAGAAAUGUUAACAUAAGUCUUACUACAUAAUCAGAACAUUACAAUGACUUAGAGAACAAUUACAUUAACUUGAAAACAACUGAGAACACAAUCCAAGACACAGCUAGCGCAACAAUGACGCCAAAAUUUUUCUUCUUCUCAGCAUCAAGCUUCAUUUUGAGUUUCUCAUGCUUCUUUGCACUUAUUUGAGUUCCAUGUUCUUUGCCAAACUCUUUCCCAAACUCUUUCCCAAAGUCUUUGCCAAAUUGUGUCAAAAACUCCAUUGUCAUUGCACAAUUGCUGCAACCAGCUUCAGACUUUAAAAUAGAAGAACAACCUGGUUCACAGUACUUUCCACAUUUUUUAGGAACUUCAUCGAGUUCAUCAUCCCAAAUGAACAGCUCACAACUAUACUCAGCCUGCAAUAAGUUUCGGCUUACAAAUUUAGCAACUAUUUCAAAACUACAUACGUUUGGAAAAUUUGAAACAAAAAAUUUACAUCAAAAUAAAAAAUUCACUUACUCCAGAAAAUCGGCAUCUCCAAAACUUUCUCUUGGGGUUUUCAUUUGUGUUUGAAAUCCACAUUGUUAUCAUGAUUUUCGGGUGUCAAGCCAUUAAUUAGGCUUGAACCUUUCAAUCUUUGAUAUUCUCUAUUUUUUCUUGGGAAGGGCAAAAUUGAGAAAAAAAACCCUUAGAGUCUAAGUUCGGGGGUUGCUUUCACUACGGGAAGGUGUUAGGCACCCGCAAUGAUUAUAGAACCUUUUUCCUAGUUUUAUGUCUACGCUUUACUUUUAUUGCCUACUUAUUGAAAAAAGAAGUUUUAUUUGAGUGAAGAAUGGGGGAGAGAAGAUGAUUGAGAUUUUAUUUUUAUUUGGCUUGGAAGAGUUUUGACUCCUUGCCUACGUACCCUUUUAAGGGAUCAAAACCAAACGUAGUUCAUUCUCAAAAAUUGUUUUCUUUGUUUUUAUUGGUUGAUUUUAAGUUUGAAAAAAAGGAAUUUUGAAGAAUGGAGAUGAGAGGCCUCAAGGGCAUGAGAUUUGGAAAAUGUGAGGUGGAAUUAGUUAUUUUGCAAAACAAAGUCUAAGUAUGAUUAAAAUUCAUUAAGAUUUUUAUUUAAGAAAAUAAAAGGAAAAUGAGGAGUUUUGACUCCUAUUUUUUUGGAAAAAGGUUUUCAAGUGAGGUUAUUCACAUUUUUUGGGAAAAAUGAUUUUUGUCUAAGCAUUAUAAAACCUAAGCAUACAUCUAAACAUACAUUCCCUAAUCAUGCAUCUAGAAUAUCCAUGUGGGGUGUGUGCAUGUGUCGGUGUACAUCACUUAUAGUGUCCAUAGUCAUUUACAUUGAGUCCUAGAUACAUGCUAUGGUCUUGCAAGAAUGUAAACUAAACUAAACUAACUAAAUUUAGUACAAACCAAUUGGCAUAGAAAUGAAUACAAAAAGAAAACCUAAACUAGGAGCAAUGAGGGUACAAAGAUUAGGUGCUUAUGGAAUGAAUGAGAUAUGAAGCAUAAGAGUUAGUAACACAAGUACAAAAUGAUAAUAAUAAAAAAAAAAGAUGCAAGCAAUAUAGAAUUGAAUAGCACAAGAGAAAGAAAAUAAUGCAAUGAAACAAAGUAGUAAAAAAUACACCUAGAAUUUAGGUAUAACACUCAUACAUGCAUAUGACCUAUAAUUCCCUCAUUAUAGCCAUUUUUGAAAGGUUUGAAUUUAAGCUACAAUGUGAGGAUCAUAAGAGUACACACAAGCCAAGCAUUAUAUCAUAUUCCUAGAGAUAUUUCCACACAUUAUUUCACAUGCAAAAAUAUCACAAUAUGUAACAAUGCAUCAAGAACAUAUAUGGAAUUUAAUGAGCAAGAAUUAAAAGAACAAAGUAAAGAAAAUGAAUGCAAAAAUAAGCAAAUAAAUUCUAAUACUUAGAGGAAAAAUUAAAAUGAUAGGGAAAUAUUUUUAGAAAUUUUUUUAGAAGCAUAAAACACCAAGAAAGUGUAAAAAAGGAUUUAAAACACAAUUAAAAAGCAAUUAAAAAGAGGCUCAGCAGGAUUUAAUCUUGACCGCUGGAUGAAUCCAGAGGUCCAGAUCUAACUCCCAAGAUCACAUCACAGCCACUGGAUCAAAGAUCCAAGGGUCCAAAAAAAAAGCACAAAAGAUAGUGUAAAAUGCAGGAAGCACAGUGACCGUUAGAUCAAAGAUCUAACGGUUCAAACAGAAGAUAUAGCAUAUUCCACACAAAAAAUCACACACAAGAUUCAAAAUCAAACACACAGCAGCCAUCAGAUCUUGGAACAAACCGGAUCUGAUGGUUCACAGAGCGAGGGAACACAACAAGAGCACGCACGUGCGCGCGUGGGAACGGAGGGAGUAUAAAAAGGAAUUUCACACAAAAAAUCACAUAAACUUCUUCUCCUUCUCUCUCUAAGUCACACUUAGAGAGAGAAGCUCUCCCUUCUCUCUAAAAAAACUCGCUGGCGAAGGUGGAGGAGGUGGUGGUUCAGGCGCGGCGGCCUGCCGGUUUCCGGCGGCGGCGCCCCCGUGCCGUAAAAUUCAAACUACUUUUUUUCAAAAAUUUUACAUCAAAAGUUCCGUCACCACCUCCUCUACACAAAUCCGGCGUUAGUUUUAGCGAGAACGGAGCGAUUCGGACUAGAUCUACGUUUUUACUUUGAAAAUCUUUUUCACACUUUUCGCAAAAAAAAACUACGGAUCUAGAUAUCCUUUUCUCUAUAGAGUCCGAAUCCGGCCUCAAAAUUCUCAAAAUCCGAACACAAAAGCCUAGAUCUACUAAUUUUUAUCCGUAACAAACUUUUUCACACUUUUUCAAGCAAGAAAUGCGCGGAAAUGACUUAGAAAGAAAGGAGAAACGCGUUACCUCUGUCGUAGAACGGAGAAAAAAGAUAUUCAGAAAACUUCGAAUCUCUCCUCUUCUCUUUCGCGCGCGCGCUAUAUCCUCCGUUGGUGUUGUUUUUGCUCGAAAAUCCGGUACGAUCUUGGUGUUGAUGUGAUGAUCCGCGGUGGUUUUGAGUGAAUCCGGUUCGGAUUUGUUGAUUUUGUGGUGAGGUGUUCUUGGUGUUCUUCCUCUUUUUCCUGAGUUUUUUUUCUGUUUUGAUUCUGUUAUGGAUGAGAGAGAGAAAAAGAUUCUGUUUGAGAGUGAUUGUGAUUGAUUCUGAUUUUUCUGACUCAUUGAUGGAUCUGACACAUUUACUAUUUAUAGCCUGCCAUGUGUAUCUGAGACCCAAUGGAAAAUUGACACCUGGACUGUUUUGGACUUAAGGACUAAUCUGCAAAAAAGUUAAUAUGAGGACUAAUCUGCAAUAAAAAAAAGAUUAAAAAAAUGCAAUUAAAAAAAAGAGUAUUGGACAAAAAUGCAAUUUUGGGAUCUGUUUGAGUACUAAAAAUGCCAUUAAAAUAAAAUUGGUAAAUUGGACAAAAAUGACAGGAAAAGACCAAAAUGCCCCUAGGGACUAAAAUGACCCAACCUGACUCAGAUGCAGUUUUGAAAUGAUUUUAAAAAAGAGAUUCAACAAUGAUUUGUACAGACAAGUUAGAAAGACUCAGAGACAGUUACAGGGACUAAAAUGGGUUCCGCUGCAGGAAAUGACCAAAAUACCCUUUUGUAUGAUUUUUGAAAAUAAAAUGCAAGAAAAGUAAUGCAAUGAUUCAGAGAAUUUUCAAAUGACUUGUAAUGCAAGAAAGACACUUUGGAUAGUUUUAUGCAAGAAAAUCAUGAUUGAACAUACUUUGAGACAGAGACAGUAAAAUAUGCAGAUGAAAAGAGAGUAAAGAUUCAGAGUGAAACAACAGUAAUUUGACAAUUAUAAGUAGUAGAAAAUAAAUUUGAAUGAGUAUUUUUAGGUCCAAAAUCAGGGUAUAACACACAUCUUCAUAACCUUCUCACAACCGCAUAUUGGGGGUCGAUUUCCAACAUUGUUACUAAUUGACGAAGUUCUGCUUCCACCCAUUAUAAACCCUAAGGUCCCACUGACAGUUGUCGUUUAAUCCUGAAUAGUCUUUGACUUUUCAAAAGGAAAUUUCGGCAGUAAGGUAUUUUAAAAUACCUCAUUUAGUUUGGUUUCUUAGCCCACAUUUUCAUUAUCACUUUAUUUUUAUUUUUAUUUUUUUUUAGUUAUUUUCUUUAAUUAUUUUUUUAAUAAGUCCAAAAUUGUCAAAAGAGCCGUGGUCCAAAGAUUCUUCACGCCACAAUUCCACAAUUCCAGGCAAAUUUACUCAGGUCUACUCUUUCUUUCCCAAUUUACCAGAAACGUGUUUCAUCCCUUUUAAUUCCAUUCAAGCACCAUUCAUUCCUAUUAAACAACAUUUCCUUUUGUUAUCAACCUUGAGCCUUUAAAUAGGAGUAAAAAUCAGAGAAGAAGGGGGACACGAUUCACACAACCUGAAAAGAGAAAAGAAAACCAGUAAUCACAAAUCAUCAAAACCUCUCUCAAACCCUCAUCACACACCAUCAUCGAAUCAUCAUCACAACAAUUCCAACCAACACAUCAAUUUUCCAGCCAUCAGUCACAAUUCCAAAACCCACACAAAAUCCUCACAACCGAUCCAACAAUUUUCCAAAGCCCUCAAUAGAAACCGACACAAAAACAUCACAGAAUACCAGCAUCAAAGGAACAACGCCGUACAUCAACCGAAACAGCCAUCACAGAAUUGACCAGAGAAUCCGAAUCGAAAUCAAAAGGUAGUAUUUCAUUAACUUUUAGAUCUAGGCUCGUAUAUUCACUGUUUGAGAUUUGUGAGUUUAGAAUCGAGUAGAGGAGAAGAGAACAAGUAGAAGGAACCAAAAAAAUCAAAAAAAUAAGUUGUUAGGGUUCCGGCGCGGUGGCGCCGCCCCACAGGCUGGCCAACCGCCACCGGAACCCUUUCGGGUUUUCGAUCCACCGGGAAGCGCAUUUUUGCCUAGGCCGCCCUUUCGGGUUUUCGACCUACCACGUUGUUCCUUUCAUAUAUCUAGGCGAAGUAUUUCUUGACUAUAUCGACAUUCACAGGAUUUGGAAGUUCAACACCAUCCAUGUGUGUAACAAUUAAAGCACCACCGGAGAAGGCCUUCUUGACAACAUAAGGACCUUCAUAGUUAGGCGUCCACUUGCCCCUUGGGUCGGGUUGCUGGCUUAUCCUCCUUUUCAAAACAAGUUCUCCUACCUUGAAUUCUCGAGGAUGGACUUUCUUGUCAAAGGCAGUCUUCAUUCUUGCUUGAUAUGACUGUCCACGAGCCAUGGCAUCCAUACGUUUUUCCUCAAUCAAAUUCAACUGAUCAUACCGGCUUUGGCACCAUUCAGCCUCGGAUAACUUUGAUUCCAUGAUCACACGGAGAGAUGGGAUCUCCACUUCCAAAGGAAGAACCGCUUCCAUACCAUAUACAAGAGAGAAAGGGGUUGCCCCGGUUGAACUGCGCACUGUAGUACGGUAACCAUGCAGAGCAUAGGGUAACAUCUCAUGCCAGUCCUUAUAAGUAGUAACCAUCUUCUGAACAAUCUUCUUGAUAUUCUUGUUGGCGGCCUCAACUGCACCAUUCAUCUGAGGUCUAUAAGGAGAAGAGUUAUGAUGCUCAAUUUUGAAUUCUUCACAAAGAGCUUGCACCACAUUGCUGUUUAGGUUGGUACCAUUGUCGGUAAUGAUCUUACUGGGAACACCAUAUCGACAGAUGAUGUUAUUCUUGAUGAACUUGGCUACCACUUGCUUGGUCACAUUGGUAUAAGAUGCCGCUUCAACCCAUUUAGUGAAGUAGUCAAUUGCCACUAAGAUGAAACGAUGACCAUUUGAAGCCUUCGGUUCAAUUCUUCCAAUCAUAUCGAUGCCCCACAUUGAAAACGGCCAUGGGGAUGACAUAACAUUGAGAGCGUGCGGAGGCACGUGAAUCUUAUCAGCAUAGAUUUGACAUUUGUGGCACUUUCUGGCGUGCUGGUAGCAAUCAUGCUCCAUGGUCAUCCAGUAGUAACCUGCUCGCAACAACUUCCUUGACAUAGUAUGCCCUGUAGCAUGGGUCCCGAAGGUACCGUCAUGUACGUCAUGCAUUAACUGUUCCGCUUCAUGUUCAUCAACACAUCUUAACAAUACCAUGUCAUAGUUUCUUUUGUACAGAAUAUCUCCAUCCAAAAGGAAUCUACUGGCCAAUCUUCUUAGGGUCUUCUUGUCUUGGUUGGAAGCACCUGACGGAUACUCACGGCUCAGCAAGAACUGCUUGAUAUCGUAAUACCAGGGUUUAUAGUCAACCAUAUUUUCACCGGCCUGAUCGAUCACAUCCCCAAUAGCAAACACAUGCGAAGGUCUUUCAAGGCGUUGCACUUUGAUUAUUGGCACAUCAUUCCAAUGGUUUACUCGAAACAUGGAGGAUAGAGUAGCAAGAGCAUCAACCAUUUGGUUCUCAUCACGAGGGAUAUGGUGCAACUCAACCUUUGUAAAAUAUGUCAGCAAACGUCUUGCGUAAUCACGGUAAGGAAUCAGAUUGGCAUGGUGGGUCUCCCAUUCACCCUUUAUCUGAUUGAUGACGAGUACCGAAUCUCCAUAAAUGUCGAGGUGUUUGAUUCUCAUGUCAAUCGCUUCCUCGAUCCCAAAGAUACAUGCUUCAUACUCAGCCAUAUUGUUUGUACAUUCGAACAGAAUCCGGGCGGUAAAAGGAAUGUGAUGCCCCUGUGGGGAUACAAUGACUGCCCCAAUUCCUUUGCCAUAAGCAUUGACAGCACCAUCAAAGACUAAUCCUCACUUGCUAUUGGGAUCUGGUCCUUCACCAAUCAAUGGUUCUUCGCAGUCUUUUGAUUUCAAAUACAUGAUCUCUUCAUCGGGGAAAUCAAACUCAAUUGGUUGGUAAUCAUCGAGAGGUUGGUAGGCGAGAUUAUCGGCAAGGAUGCUACCUUUGAUUGCCUUUUGAGUUUUGAACACAAUAUCAUAUUCAGACAAAAGCAUCUGCCAGAGUGCAAUCUUCCCAGUAACAACAGCUUUCUCAAAGAUAUACUUGAUAGGAUCCAUCCUGGAUAUCAACCAAGUUGUAUGAUUCACCAAAUAAUGACGCAGGCGUUUGGCAGCCCAGGCUAGAGCACAACAAGUCUUCUCAAGCAUUGUAUACCGAGUUUCACAGUCGGUGAACUUCUUGCUCAGAUAGUAGAUAGCAUGUUCUUUCUUUCCAGUCUCAUCUUAUUGACCAAGCACGCAUCCCAUGGAUUCAUCAAACACUGACAAAUACAAAAUCAAAGGCCUUCCUUCCACGGAUGAGACAAGGAUAGGUGGUUCCAGCAGGUAAUUCUUGAUGCUAUCAAAAGCUUCCUGGCAUUCAUCGUUCCAUACAAUAGGCUGAUUCUUGCUCAAGCAGUCGAGUGAUCUCAUACGGUAUAUCAUCAUCCUCUUCAUCUUCGGCUUCAUACACCGGGAAUUCAAAAUUUGGAGGAACUGUAUGAUUACUGUGUUCAACGGGUUUAUUAUGGUUCAAACUGCAUAGAAUGGUUGAAUGAUUUUAGAAAAGGGUUUUUUUUUUCUUUCAUGCAGAUCUUUGAAAUUAAUAAGAAAAAUAAAGAUGUUUUGGUUUUUUCUGGUAUUACCAUUAUUUCCAAGAAAAAAAAAAGAAAAAAAAAAUCACUAAAAAAUAAAAGUCGUGAAAGAAACGACGAUUUUUAUUGAUAACGGCGAUGCCGAAACAAACACGCCCUUCCAGAAAUAUCACUUUCGCUUCGGACAGAGCGAGAGGAUGGUUAUUUUGAAAAACAAAACACUUAAGCAACAAGACACAUUAUUCGGAAACAUGCAUGAUUGAAUGAAUGUUGAUGGCGUCCCAAUUUCUCGCAAUGCCUCCUGGUAUAACAAACAUAGGCCUAGGACUACAUCCAGUCGCCUCUUCAGUAAUUGCAUUGACAAACUCAGCACUGUAGAAGAUUCCUGUGGUAUUGUACUUGUAAGGAAUAGCCUUUGCUGAAGUAUAAGGUACCGGUCCGGGCAGCCUUAUCACUAGAGGCUCAACAUUCUCUUUUGAAGGCACGCUCUUGACGGGCGGAUCAUGAAAGACUGGCACAAUCACAUAAACAUCGUUGACAGUCAAAUAAUUGUCGUUCAUCAAGCUCUGGAUGUCAUUUUGAACAGCAUAGCAACCCAAAGGAUUACGAAAGCAAUCUGGGCAAUUGGCAUGAUCACGGUUAAACAGAGAAGCUUUGCAUAGCUUGAUGUGUAGUGGUACCAGAGGAGUUGCAACAUUACGGACAUCAAGUCUGGGAGCUUCCUCAUACACCUCAAUCAUGUUCACAGCAGCGUGAUUCGGAAGAGGAUUGUCGAGGACAUGAGGGACAUUGUUCUCAAAAGUCAACUUUCCUUGAUCAAUGAGCUUCUUCACGAUGUACUUCAAAGCAUAGCAUCCUUCGACAUCAUGACCCAGAGCACCUUGAUGGAAAUCACAUAUGAGGUCAGACCGGAACCUGGGAGGCAACGGAUCAGGUGGAGGCUUGCCCUGUCUGGUGGUGCAGUGCCCUCUGAGAAGUAGAGUUGGGAGUAGCUCAGCAUACAACAUUGGUAUCAGAGGAAAGGUAGGUCUAGCUUGUUGCUGCUGUCGUUGUUGAGCUGGAGGCUGAUUGUUCCCAGGCGGCUAGCAGAGCAGUCAUGGUAUCAUUGGCCUUUGCCAAUUCUUCCCUCAGAGAAGCCAACUCGGUGCGAAGCUGAGUGUUCUCUUCCUCCAUAGCUACCAAAUUCUUUUUUCUGUACAAUCUAGUCCGAUGGAUUCUGUCAGGUUCGUAGACUUUUCGAGCACGAGCCACCUUUCAAACUCUGUGGCAGAAGAACCAGGAGGCAAUGAGUGCUUGGAAGCUUCUGUGACUGAUGAAUGAUGCAUAUGAUGCAUGAUAUGUACAAAUGCAGAUGCAAAAAUGACUUUUUUGUCAUCGAAGGGUUUUUAGACAAAUUAGAAACCUUGUAAACAUUAUUUAAUAAGAUCUCAAUAGCGUUCAAAUCCACGAAGUUGUCGAGAUUCGAAAAGAGAAUGAGCCCAUAGAUAAACAAUGCAAGAAUAGCCUCGAGUGUAUCUUGACAAGUGGUUUCGAAUUAGCCCGCUCAAGUAGAUACUUUGAAGUGAACCCUCGGAUGUGAGAAUUGGUAAUAAGAUGAUUGGAGACGUCGGAAGUCCUGGGAUAGAUAUCCUUAGCAAUAACCAAAGGAGUAAGAGAAGUUCCGGGACCGCUAUAGGUGAAUCUAACAAGUAGGAAUAAGCCUCAAGAGUAGGGACCAAUUGGAAAUCCGAGAAAGUGAAGCAACGGAAACUCGAGUCAUAGAAUCGCACAAGAGUGUGCACUAGCUUCCCUUCAACAUUGGUCUGGAGAAUAGUGAGCAAACCACCAUAUCGGAGUCGAAAACCUGUUUGAUUCUUAACCUUGAGUGCCAAUUCUCUCAAGCUAACCAAAUCAACCUCCUUGCACUUGUAGGAUUUAGUCUUCUUCAUACCAGUAAUGUUUACAAAGUUUUUAAUUUGUCUAGUCCUUCGAUGAAGGCAUGAAAAAAGUUUAUGCAUGAAUGCAUGUAUGCAUGAUUGUUUUUUUUUUUCAAUUACAGAGAAUACAUGGUGAGGGUAAGUUCCACAAUGUUGGAGUUAAGGAUAACAACGCCAUUUGGUAAGGACUAUGGUUUAAAAUGUACCUGCAUCACGGGUUCUACCAAGUUCCCAAAUUACAACUUCCCUUAUGAGCAUAUCGGUGUAUAGGACCGCUCCUAGUCCAAUAACGCCCAUAAGUAAGUCUAGUUUGAGUGUAGUAUCGCGUGUCGACCAAAGUCAAAACUGCUCUUGGUUUAGCCACCGCACUACGUCCUAAAAAAAGGCCAAGAUGGGUUAAGGGUGAUCUAAAGGUCCUCAACGUUUAGCGGACUUCAAAAAUAAUAACGCCAAUCACGACUGCUCAUGACGACAUAUUAUUACUUUUGAAAGACCUACGUUGAGUGGAGUUAUAUCACAUGUACACAUAUCGCAGGACCGCUCCUGGUAUGGCACUACGAUUGUACCCCGUCCUAUCUUAUGUUUCACUCAAGCCCGGGUGUAGGACUUUGAUAUUCUCACCCCACACGUUAAAUGAAAAUAAACAAAUAUUCACAUAUAUAAGCAAUAAAACAAAGCGUAAACAUAAACUACGGAAAACUAGGCGUGACCCGCUUAAAAAAUGUCCCCAGUGAAGUCGCCAUUUCUGUUAUCAUGGUUUUUGGGUGCCAAGCCAUUAAUUGGACUUGAACCUUUUGACCGUUGAUAUCUUCUUUUUUCUUGGGAAGGGUAAAAGGAGAAAAACCCUUGAGUUUCCGAAUUCGGGGGUCGAUUUCGCUACGGGAAGGUGUUAGGCACCCGGAGCGAUUAUGGUAUUCCAUAAGAACCGUUCUCCUAAGUUUAUUUCUACGCUUUAUUUUAUUGCCUAUUUAUUGAAAGAAAAGAAGUUUUAUUUGAGUGAAGAAUGGGGGAGAGAAGAUGAUUGAAUUUGAUUUUAUUUCGGCUUGGAGGGGUUAAAGUCCCUUGCCUACGUACCGUUUUACGGGAUCAAAACCGGCGUAGUUCUUGCUAAAAAGACUUGUUGUUUUUUUUGUUUUAAUUGUUUGAUUUUAAAUUUUGAAAAUGAUUUUGAAGAAGGGGAUUGAGAGGCUUCAUGAGCAUUAGAGUAUGAAAAAGUGGGGGUUUGUUUAGUGAUUUUGCAAAAAAGUCUAAAUGAUUAGAUUUAUUUGAGAAUUUUAUUAAGAAAAUAAAAGGUGAAAAAUUGUUGGAGUUUUGACUCCAUUUUUAUGAAAAAAUAUUUGAAGCGAAUUUGUUUGCAUAUUUUUUGGAAAAAAUUGGAUUUUCUCUAAGUGUUUAAACCUAAGCAUUCAUCUAACCAUGCAAUCCUAGGCAUACAUCUACACAUGCAAUCCUAGCCAUACAUCUAGGGUGAGUGUGUGCGUGCCGGUGCGUCAUAGUGUCCAUAGUCCAUAUUACAAAAAUUGCCUAAAUACAUUCUAUGGCCCCUUUGCCAAGCUACAAACCAAUGAUAACAAAUUACAUCACCAAAUGAAUUAAAACUUGCAAAAAUAAAUGCUAAGCUAAAGAAAGUGGAGGAGGUAGUGGAAUGCUAUGAGUGAAGUCUCACAAGGAACAAAAUGUUAGUGAAACAAGGAAAAAUAUAAUGGGAAUGAUGAAAAAUGCACCAAAUGAAUAUGCAAUAAAAAGGGGUAAAAACAUGAGAAUUUAUCAAGCACAAUGUGUAAUAAAUGGCCUAUAAUGCAAGCACAAACACAAACCAAAUGAAAACAGUGGCACAAUCAUUGAAUUAUCAUCACAUCUAUCAUGAAAAUGCAUUCUAAUUAGCCAUGCUAUGCACCAAAAUUCUUAGGACAAGAAUCAACCUAAAAAGCAUGACAAAGCUAACUAGAGAAGUAAUUUGAACGAGAGACCUAUGCACAUAUUUUUUACCAGUUAUUUGCAAGCAAAAUAUCAUUAAAAAAUCAUCAAGAAAGUGGUAAAAACAUGUAGUAAUUUUUGGAAUUUAUGGUAAAAAAAUCAGAGCAAUCAGAGGUUCAGAUAGCAAAAAGAACGGUGUAAGUAGCACAAAAAGGCAAAGAAAUUCUUAGAAAACUAAGCCCAAACCUACAGCCUAACACACAAAACUCAGAUUGCACAGGAGACGUUGGAUUGAUCCAGGGUAGGAAACCCUAGAUCCAACGGCCAGGAACGAAGGAGGUUGGACCGGUCCUGAACCGGUCCGGUUCACUGGCUUUAAAAAGGGGGGGAAACCGGUUUUUUCCUAUUUUCUUCCUCUCCUUCUCUCUCUAACUCUUCUCUCUUCUCUCAUCUCUCUCUAAACCCUCACCGCCGGUGAGGAUGAAGCCACGGCAGAGACCUUGAAGGUCCGCCGGAAGCUUCAUCUUCUCCGGCGAGUCCUAUGCACUCUCCGGUGAAAAAUUUCCAGAAUUUAAAGAUUUUUACAUCAAAUGAUUCGUCCUUUAACCCUAAACACGAAUCCAGCAAUUAUUUUCUCAAACACAGCUUGAUACGAUGUAGAUCUGAAAAUUUCGUACGGUUUUGAAAUUGAUUUUCUUUGAUCUUUUUUUGAAAAAAAAAGGUUUAGAUCUUUACGGAUCUACAUCGUUUCGUCGUUUAUCUCUUUUCUGGUGCUUGUUCUUGCUUUCAAAACUUAGGUCCUUAUGGAUCUAGGUUUUGUGUUUACGGUUACGGUCUUAUCUUUGAAUUCUGGAAAUUUUUAGAUCUGUUUCUCGCGUGAUUUUACAGGUUAAACUAUGAUAUCACUUCUGAAAAGGAAUUCUGAGUUUUACCUGAAGUUUUUGAUUGGAGGUUUUAUGAGAUUCUUCGGAAAUCUUGAUUCUGUUCUUGAUGAUUUUUGAUCCUUCCGCUUGUUCUUUGGACCGAAAAUAAAUCGGUGAUUCACUGGCUUAAUCCCUUCAUCUUCUCCGAUUCUUUCUCUGUGAUUAUACGCUUGAACUUGCUUUCCCUCUUCUGAUCUUCUCUCUGUGAUCAACGCUUGAGCUUGCUUCAAUGCGAACUCGCGUUUGGAAUUGCAGGGAAACGACCAAUUCAGUGAUGAAGAUUCCACAGAAUCUCUGAGAAUCGAUCCAAAAAUUGUUGAUUCUGAUGAAUUUUAGGGUUUCUGGAAACGGUUAGGGUUUUGUGUUCUUGGUGUUCUUGAGAAAUUCUGAGAAAUUUUCUGUUUUGAUUCAAUUGCUGAGAGAGAGAAAAUUAGAAUUGUGUUUAUGAGUUGGCGUGUGGUUAAUGGAUCUCUGUGGCACUGUACACCUUUUAUAGCCUGCCAUGUGUGAUCUUGGACCAUUAGAAAGCUGACAUGUGGCAUUGGACUGAAAAAGGGGCGCUGCCUUGUAAUUUGACUUGAAGGACCUGUUUGCAAAUUUGAAAAAAUAUAUGGACUGGACUGAAAAAUGAAAGUAAGGACUGAAAUGAAAUUAAAAACUGUUUGGACAAAAUAUGCAAUUUUGGGACCUCAAUUGAGGGACCAAAAUGCAAUUAAAAAUAAAAUUGGAUAAAACGUAAUUUGACCAAACGUAAAAUGAAACAAAAAAAUAAAAUUGACAAAACGGACUAAAACGAACCAAUGGCUUAAAUGAGGUACUUCAAAGUAACCCCUCUAUGCCGAAAUUUUGUGUGAAAUGACCAAAAUGCCCUUCUGUACGACUUUUGAAAUAAAAUGCAAGAAAAGUAAUGCGAUGAUUUAUAGAAUUUUUUCAAAUGACUUGUAAUGCAAAAAGACAUUUUGGAUGGUUUUAUGCGCAAGAAAAAUCAAAGACAAAAUCACGAUUGAAAAUAGUUUGAGACAGACAUUAAAAUAUGCAGAUGAAACAAAGUAAAGGUUCAGGGAAAUAUAACAGCAAAUUGACAAAUAUCAGUAUUGAAAAAGAAAUUUGAAUAAGUAUUUUUAGGUCCAAAAUCAGGGUACAACACAUGCAAAUAAUCAAAAAUCACAAAAAUAUCUUCAUAAACAAACCUUGAUCUUAAAUCAAGUGACCGUCUUUUGUUUUCAUUUUCUUAAUCAAACUUUAAUCAAUUUAAUCAUAUUUUGAGUCAUUUUCUUUUAAUAUAAAAAAUACAAACAAAUACUCAUUUGCCACUUGGCUUUUCAUUUUAAAACCUUUUUUCAAAACUAAUAAAAAACACUCAACAAAUCAAACGUCGUUUUCUACCCCGAACUACGAGGUUUUGAUCCCUCACGGGUACGUAGGCAGAGGACCAUGUCCUUCCAAAUCAAUAAAAUGUAGAUAACUAGGUCUUUUAUUCUUCCACUUUAAUUCCUUCUUUUCAAAAAUAAUAAGCAAGUUUAUAGCACAUUAAUUAAAUAAAAUCAAGAGGUUCUCGUAGAGUACUACGAAUAUUUAGGGUGCUAAUACCUUCCCUAAAUAUAACCAACCCCCGAACCCUAAAUCUCAAUAUGGGGUAGUUUGAACCUUUUUCCCCUUUUUCUUAAAAAAAUUAAAUGUUCAGUCGUGAAAUAAUUAGUGAGUCAAAAGCUAAUCAAAUAGCCUUGAUCUCCAAAAAAUGACACGACAGAAAUGGCGACUUCACUGGGGACCCCCUAAGAGGGUUAAGCCUAACUUGGCUUUAUUUAAAUUUUGUUCUAUAACUUGCUUAAAAUCAAAAAAUAAAAUAUGGAAAACCGUGUAUAUAUGUUCUUCCUUCUUCGUUCUCCUUUCUAAACUUGAGUGGUGAGAUAAGUCAUACACCCGGACUUGAGUGAACAUUAAGAUAGGAUGGUGAUAUAAUCAAAGUGCCAUUCCAAGAGUAAUCUUGAGUGUUGGUACAUGUGAUAAUCCCGCUCAAUGGAGGUUCUUGGAAGUAAUACUUUGUUGACAUGAGUAAUCAUGUUUGACACUAUUAUUUUCAAGUAACCGUCGAAGUUGAGGGCCUUUAGUUACCUUUAACCCAUCUUGGCCUUUUAGGACGUAGUGCGGUGGCUAAUCAAGAGUAAUCUUGAAUUAGUUGAUACGCGAGACUACACUCAAACGAGACUUUCCUUCAAAUGAUAUUAGAUCAAGAGUAAUCUUGUAACCUAAUAAUAUUUGGAAGUGGUUAAAGACUUUGGGAACUUGGUAGAACCCGUGAUACAGGUACAAAUGAAACCAUAGUCCUUACUAAAUGGCGUUGUUACCCUUAAAGCUCCAACAUUGUGGACUUAACCUCACCAUGCAUUCCAUGUUCUUUAGCAUAAUCAUGCAAACAUGCAUUCAUUCAUAAAAACUUUUUCUCACUAAUAUCGAAGGACUUAGAUAAGUUCUUGUAAACAUCAAAGAUAUGGUCCUUGUAAGAAGGAACACCUACAACUUCAAAAACCUUAACUAAGCUUUAGCUUUUGUUAAGAAUUUUUUCCUUGGUUUCGUUCUUACUUUUGAAAAGGGAACCAAUUGCAACAUCUUCACAAUUUUCAGAUAAAACAAUGUUCCUUAUCAAGUUUACAAUUACUUUGACAAAUCCUUCAAAAAAAAUGUGUCUAUUUUUGCAUAAGCAUAGCAUGCAUCAUUUUGCAUUCAUAAUUUCAAGUCUGAGUCUCACACUGUGUCUUUUCUACUAAAGGUCAAUCCAUUUCAAAAGUGGCCCGACGUAAUCUUUACCAGUCUACCCGCACAUACAACACUCGGGCUAAUAUAAAAAAGAAAAUGGAAGGUCUUGAGCAAGAAAAUCAGGUCCUCCGUGCCGAAGUGAUAUCAUUGAAGACCAAGAUAGAGGAAUUGGAGUCCAUGAAGACCAAGAUGGAUGAGUUGUCUGAAUUGGUAAAAGUGCUAUCAACUGCACAAAAUCAACCACCACCACCUCCUCCCUUCAGCACUCAGGCCGAAGCAUCUUCCUCUUCUAUCCCCGAUUGGACAAUAUGUGCCGACACUCCGACAUACUCUGCUCCACAACGUUCCGCGCCUUGGUUUCAACCUUUUACUGCUGGUGAAAUAUUCCGUCCCAUUGCCUGUGAAGCUCAGAUGCCUACUCAUCAGUAUGUGGCUCGUGUUCCCCCUGUAAAGGUCCCUCCAGUCGCUAUGACCUACUCAGCACCUGUGAUGCAUACUAUUCCACAAAAUGAAGAAUCCAUCUUCCAUUCAGGGAACAUGGAGACUUACGAUGGAAUGAGUAACUUACGAGAAAAGUAUGAUGAACUGCAACGAGACGUGAAAGCUCUCCGUGGGAAAGGAAAAUUUGGAAAGACUGCUUACGAUCUCUGUUUGGUGCCGAAUGUUCAGAUACCUCACAAAUUCAAGAUUCCAGAUUUCGAGAAGUAUAAAGGGAACUCCUGCCCUGAGGAACAUCUAAAAAUGUAUGUGAGAAGGAUGUCCGCAUAUGCCCAGGACGAUCAGGUCCUUAUUUAUUACUUUCAAGAAAGUUUGGCUGGUCCCGCCUCAAAAUGGUACAAAAAUCUAGACAAAACGGAAAUCCAAACUUUUCGUGAUCUAUGUGAAGCUUUUGUGGAACAGUACAAUUAUAAUGUGGAUAUGGCUCCAGACAGAAGCGAUCUUCAGGCUAUGACCCAGGGAGACAAGGAAACAUUCAAAGAGUAUGCCCAGCGAUGGAGAGAUACCGCUGCCCAAGUCAGCCCACGUAUAGAAGAGAAGGAGAUGACCAAGAUCUUCUUAAAAACUCUCAAUCAUUUCUACUACGAGAAGAUGGUCGGAAGUACGCCCAAGAACUUUGCUGAGAUGGUUGGUAUGGGCGUACAGUUGGAAGAAGGAGUCCGAGAAGGACGAUUAGUUAAAGAUGGAGCUUCCGACAGUGGAGCCAAGAAAUUUGGGAACAACUUCCCAAGAAAGAAAGCACCAGAGGUCGGUAUGGUGGCCCAUGGGAGGCCUCAGCAAAAUUAUCCAGCCUAUCAGCAUGUUGCUGCCAUUACACCCGCUACCAAUGCUAUUCAACAACCGGGUUAUCAGCCGCAGUUCCAACAGUAUCCUCAGCAACUGUAUCAGCAACAACAACCUCGACCACAAGCUCAAAGGACCCAAUUUGACCCGAUCCCCAUGAAAUAUGCGGAUUUGCUCCCAGCAUUGCUAGAGAAGAAUUUGGUCCAGACCAGGCCACCUCCUAAGGUGCCAGAAAGAUUACCAACAUGGUAUAGACCUGACAAGUUUUGUGCUUUUCAUCAAGGGGCCCCAGGUCAUGAUACUGAAUACUGCUAUACUCUGAAGGCCGCAGUCCAAAAGUUAAUCCGAGAUAAAGAUCUGUCCUUCGCCAAUCCGCUACCAGAUCAUGGUACCUAAUAUUGCCACAAAAGGAUGGUUAACCGCAAUCGGGUCAAUGUUGAUGUCUUCUUCCAUUUGUUCAAUUUGUUUUAAGUGUUAUGUUUGUUGUUUUGUUAUCUUUCCAAAAGAGUCCUUUCGUCCCGCCCAAGACGAAAGUGAACUUAUGUAGGGCUUUUUGCUUCAUGAACUGUCAUCAUUAAUAAAAAGGUCGUUUUGAUCCCGACUUUGUUUUUUAUUUUAUUUUGUGCUUCUUCUUGAAAAAUGGUAAUACAAAAAAAAAACCAAAAAAAAGAAAAAACUUUAAUCAUUCUCAAAUAUCUGCAUAAUCAUAGCUUGUACUUACUUGUCAAAAUCAAUAAUCAAAUCAUGCAUUAAUAAACCUGUUGAACAUAAUAACCAUCUACUCUCUCCCAAAUUUGAGUUCUCUAUGACCGAAGAUGAAGAAGAGGAGAAUGAAGAGACUCCAAACAAGAUCUCUCGCCCACUGGGGCAUCUUAGCCGUCAAAGCUGCAAACAAAAUAUAAAAGAAGAUUGUCCAAAAGAUUGCUUUCAUUUACAAAGACCGGCACGAAAUGCUACCAUUUGCACUUCAUGAGUAUUGUACUUCAGUACACACUUCAACAGGGGCAACCCCCUCUUUCAUUAACAUACAUCAUGAAGGCCAUACUUCCCGUGGAGGUCGAAGUCCCGACAAUAGAAGUUUUGCCGAAGUCCAAGCUUGAUUGAACUUAAAUUGCAUGACGACCUUGUACAAACAUGUCAAAAGAGGUUGAAACAAACUUCCAACAAGAAGGUUCGUCCUCUUGAAUUUCAAGAAGGAGACUCUGUGCCUAAAAAGGUAUUAUCUUUCCAACCAGACUCUAGGGGCAAGUGGACGCCUAACUAUGAAGGUUCAUGUGCAAUGACUUUUACAACUAUGGAUGGUGACAAACUUGCACUUCCUAUGAAUGCCGGUGCAGUCAAGAAAUAUUAUGUCAAAAAAAUAAAAGCUCGAUAAGUCGCAAACCUGAAAAAGGGGCUUAGGCAAAAAUGAGCGUCUCGAUAGACUGAAAACCUGAAAGGGCGGUCUAGGCAAAAAUUAGAGACAUGAACAAAAAUGAUUAUCCUGAUAGAUUGAAAACCCAAAUGGGCGAUCUAUGCAAAAGUUAAGGAUCAAAAGACAAAUUAACUGCAUCCGGCGGAGCACAAUCCACUUGGGGCAUCCGGUUGUCAAAAGACCUCCGAUUCGAAGCAUCUGCAGAUCAAAGACUCGGAACAUUGGCAUUCAAAGUUGUUAGGGAGAAUAGUGGUUAUGGUGUUCAAUGUACCAUCCCAUACAUUUACCAUUUUUCAAAAUUUCCAAAAAAUCUGUGGAGCCAUGCCCUUAGCAGGCCACCACUCAAUUCAUCAAAUUUGAGCUUAUGCCCAUUUAUUCAGAACUCUCAUUUAUUCUAUUUGCAUAAUUUCUUCUUUUUGAUGGCAAUACUUAAAGCAAAAAUUUUCAAAAAAAUACAAAAAACUUUUUUUUACAUCUUUUGAAAAGUGUGAACAACAAACACACUCACUUUGAACUCAUGAGUAGGUGAAGCAUACAUCAACAUUCGCCUCGAGAACGGUUACACUCCAUAAGAGAAACAGAGCUAAGCACUAUGGAAAUGAUCUCUGCCUUGAACAAGAUGUUGUCACAGUAAAAAAAAAAUAUACAAAAAAAUCAAAGCUCGCUAAGUUGAAAACCUGAAAAGGCGGCUUAGGCAAAAAUGAGCGUCCUGGUGGACUGAAAACCCGAAAGGGCGGUCCAGGCAAAAAUUAGGGGCAGAAAAAAAAGAAUAUAUUCCCGGUGGACUUAAAACCCGAAAGGGCGGUCUAGGCAAAAGUUAGGGAUUUUCAAAAAAAUAAUAUAAAAAAACAUGACUGCUGAGGCAUACCAAUGGAAGGACACUCUGUGCCGGUUCACAAAUGGCGACUCUUUCCAUACCUUUUUAUCAAUAAUGGGCUUAUACCGUCAACGGCUCGAUUUGUUCACAAUAAUAUCAUCUCCAAGGAAGUUUGCCGAGUGUUUGUACUGCGAUGUCAGUCCGCCUCCCAUCUUACCUAUCUUGUCUCGUCUCAUCGAGUCACUUGUCACAUAAAGUUUAUACAGUCAUGCAAGUUGUACAUUCAUAACAUUUGUACAUUCAUAAAAUUCAUACAUUCAUACAUUCAUGUACACAUCAUAUGCACAACAUCAGUUCACACAUAAUUGCAUCAGUCGUCCAGAAUCUCAAUUCGGUCGCGUCUCUUCGGUUCAGUCUUAACUUACCAUUGUGUCAAGCCGCAAGUUUCUACAAAUAAGCCUCUUCCAUUUACCUUCUUAUUGUCAAAGUGUCAUCCCCGGCGUGAAGCCGUGCUAGUCAUGACACUAAUCAAACUUCAAUUUCAAUUUCAAAAAGUGUCAUCCCCAGCGGUAGCUGUGCAAGUGGUGUCACCAGUCAAUUUCAACUCUCAAUGGUGUCAUCCUUAGUGUGACUGACCAAGUUGUCCUUUCAUUCUUACCUUUGUUAAGCUAUCUCAUCGAUAGUUAGGUAAAAGUAUCAUUUGUCUUUGUUAAGCUAUCAUUUCAACGGUAGUUAGACGAUGGUUUUUUCUCUCAAUCUUACCUUUGUUAAGCUAUCUCAUCGAUAGUUAGGUAAAAGUAUCAUUUGUCUUUGUUAAGCUAUCAUUUCAACGGUAGUUAGACGAUGGUUUUUUCUCUCAAUUUUACCUUUGUUAAGCUAUCUCAUCGAUAGUUAGGUAAAGGUAUCAUUUGUCUUUGUUAAGCUAUCAUUUCAACGGUAGUUAGACGAUGUUUUUCUUUCAUUCUUACCUUUGUUAAGCUAUCUCAUCGAUAGUUAGGUAAAAGUAUCAUUUGUCUUUGUUAAGCUAUCAUUUCAACGAUAGUUAGACGAUGGUUUUUCUUUCAUUCUUACCUUUGUUAAGCUAUCUCAUAGAUAGUUAGGUAAAAGUAUCAUUUGUCUUUGUUAAGCUAUCAUUUCAACGGUAGUUAGACGAUGGUUUUUUCUCUCAUUCUUACCUUUGUUAAGCUAUCUCAUCGAUAGUUAGGUAAAAGUAUCAUUUGUCUUUGUUAAGCUAUCAUUUCAACGGUAGUUAGACGAUGUUUUUCUUUCAUUCUUACCUUUGUUAAGCUAUCUCAUCGAUAGUUAGGUAAAAGUAUCAUUUGUCUUUGUUAAGCUAUCAUUUCAACGAUAGUUAGACGAUGGUUUUUCUUUCAUUCUUACCUUUGUUAAGCUAUCUCAUCGAUAGUUAUGUAAAAGUAUCAUUUGUCUUUGUUAAGCUAUCAUUUCAACGGUAGUUAGACGAUGUUUUUCUUUCAUUCUUACCUUUGUUAAGCUAUCUCAUCGAUAGUUAGGUAAAAGUAUCAUUUGUCUUUGUUAAGCUAUCAUUUCAACGGUAGUUAGACGGUGGUUUCUCUUUCAUUCUUACCUUUGUUAAGCUAUCUCAUCGAUAGUUAGGUAAAAGUAUCAUUUGUCUUUGUUAAGCUAUCAUUUCAACGAUAGUUAGACGAUAGUUUUCUCUCAUCCUUACCUUUGUUAAGCUAUUUCAUCGAUAGUUAGGUAAAAGUAUCAAUCGUCUGUGUUAAGCUAUCAAUACGAUAGUAGACAUUCAUUUUCCCCAGUGAAAUUACAUUCCCCUAGCGGAGUUGGACCCCUUUUCUUCAACGAAUUCGGGUAUCCCGUUUUUAUUUCUCAUUCGAGUCAAAUCAUCCUGCAUUCAUAAAUUGCACCAAAUGCAUCCAUAUCAUCUUAGGUCAAAAAUUGUGUAUUUUGUAUUUAAGUCUCUUCGACUCGUCAAAUCAAAGAUUUCAUCUUCAAAUCUCCGGACGAAGAAACUUAAAUAGGGGCAUCUGUCAUACCCCAAUUUUUGACCUAAGGUCCCACUGACAGUUGUCGUUUAAUCCUGAAUAGUCUUUGACUUUUCAAAAGGAAAUUUCGGCAGUAAGGUAUUUUAAAAUACCUCAUUUAGUUUGGUUUCUUAGCCCACAUUUUCAUUAUCACUUUAUUUUUAUUUUUAUUUUUUUUUAGUUAUUUUCUUUAAUUUUUUUUUUAAUAAGUCCAAAAUUGUCAAAAGAGCCGUGGUCCAAAGAUUCUUCACGCCACAAUUCCACAAUUCCAGGCAAAUUUACUCAGGUCUACUCUUUCUUUCCCAAUUUACCAGAAACGUGUUUCAUCCCUUUUAAUUCCAUUCAAGCACCAUUCAUUCCUAUUAAACAACAUUUCCUUUUGUUAUCAACCUUGAGCCUUUAAAUAGGAGUAAAAAUCAGAGAAGAAGGGGGACACGAUUCACACAACCUGAAAAGAGAAAAGAAAACCAGUAAUCACAAAUCAUCAAAACCUCUCUCAAACCCUCAUCACACACCAUCAUCGAAUCAUCAUCACAACAAUUCCAACCAACACAUCAAUUUUCCAGCCAUCAGUCACAAUUCCAAAACCCACACAAAAUCCUCACAACCGAUCCAACAAUUUUCCAAAGCCCUCCAUAAAAACCGACACAAAAACAUCACAGAAUACCAGCAUCAAAGGAACAACGCCGUACAUCAACCGAAACAGCCAUCACAGAACUGACCAGAGAAUCCGAAUCGAAAUCAAAAGGUAGUAUUUCAUUAACUUUUAGAUCUAGGCUCGUAUAUUCACUGUUUGAGAUUUGUGAGUUUAGAAUCGAGUAGAGGAGAAGAGAACAAGUAGAAGGAACCAAAAAAAUCAAAAAAAUAAGUUGUUAGGGUUCCGGCGCGGUGGCGCCGCCCCACAAGCUAGCCAACCGCCACCGGAACCCGCCUUACCUCCGCCGAGGAUGAUGAAGAUUUGCCGGAAUCUUCAUGUUUCAAACCCAGAACUUUGAACAAAUUAGAGAGAGGAGAGAGCUUUUGUGAGAGAAGGAGAAGUAAGAGAGAGAAAGAGAUGUAAAAAAAAUGAAGAAAAAACCGGACACACCACAUAUAUAUGGUACUAGACCGAGCCGGUUCAGCCUUGAACCGGCUUGAACCGGUCUAACCCAAAGAUCAACCCACGAGGCCCAACAGCGCGCCUCUGUCUCCCUUUAAACCCAAUUCCAUCUUUUGUUUCGUUUCUGCAACCCCCUGAACACUGCUGCACCCCCCCACCUUGUGAUUGAUCCCCUUUAUUUUAUUUCUCGCAUGCAUUUUAUUUUUGCUUUUAUUUUAGCAUUGUAAUUAUUAUUUUAUAUUCUCUCAUGCAUGUUUUAUUUAUAGCAAGAAUAUUAGAAUGCAAAUUAAGCUUUGAUGUAAAUAAUUCAUUUAUAUUCUUGUCAUUUAUUUUCUGCAGACCAUAGCAUGUAUCCUAGGCUUUAAUGUAAAUCAUGCAUGUGUGCGUGUGUGGGUGUAUGCUUUAUUUUAUGUUUCUAGCUUAGGUUACAAACGUUUUACUUUCCUUGCUCCGUUAGUUUACAUUUUAGUUUAGCUUUUAUUCAAAAACAACAAAAACAUGCAAAUAAUCAAAAAUCACAAAAAUAUCUUCAUAAACAAACCUUGAUCUUAAAUCAAGUGACCGUCUUUUGUUUUCAUUUUCUUAAUCAAACUUUAAUCAAUUUAAUCAUAUUUUGAGUCAUUUUCUUUUAAUAUAAAAAAUACAAACAAAUACUCAUUUGCCACUUGGCUUUUCAUUUUAAAACCUUUUUUCAAAACUAAUAAAAAACACUCAACAAAUCAAACGUCGUUUUCUACCCGGAACUACGAGGUUUUGAUCCCUCACGGGUACGUAGGCAGAGGACCAUGUCCUUCCAAAUCAAUAAAAUGUAGAUAACUAGGUCUUUUAUUCUUCCACUUUAAUUCCUUCUUUUCAAAAAUAAUAAGCAAGUUUAUAGCACAUUAAUUAAAUAAAAUCAAGAGGUUCUCGUAGAGUACUACGAAUAUUUAGGGUGCUAAUACCUUCCCUAAAUAUAACCAACCCCCGAACCCUAAAUCUCAAUAUGGGGUAGUUUGAACCUUUUUCCCCUUUUUCUUAAAAAAAUUAAAUGUUCAGUCGUGAAAUAAUUAGUGAGUCAAAAGCUAAUCAAAUAGCCUUGAUCUCCAAAAAAUGAUAUGACACUUAUAUUUAAAAACGGAUGGAGUAUGUCUUUUAAGUUAUUCUCCUUCCUCCUUCAAAAAAUAAAAGUUAUUUAAUUCUAACUUUUAGGCGUCGAAUAACUUACAUUUAUAAGAUCUGACAUCUCUCAAAUUUUUACGAUUAAAUAACUUAAAAGACUUAAUUGGUAUGAAAAUAAUUUAAAGGACUAAUUUGUUAAAAUUAAUUAAUUUAAAGAUCUAAGUGGUAAAAAAAUAAACUUAAACACUAAUUAAUUUAGCCAUAUUUUUAGAGCACCUGGACAAGAAGGUAGUAUCUGAUGUAAUCAAGGAGAGGAUUGUCUGCCAUGAGAUUUUCUUUUGUUUUUCUCCGGUCAACAAUAUUAGCCCUUCAUUUGUUUAAUGAUAGAUCAACGGGGGGCGGGGGCGUAGUAACAAGUGGCGAACGUCCUUCCUUCUCUAUUGUCCUUCUACUAGUAUAUGCAACCCGUGCGGACGCACGGGUGAAAUUCUUCCUUGAGCAGCAAAAAUUCAGACCAAACAAUUAUUUUUGCAUCAAAAAUAAUAUUUAUUUGCUCAAAACCAGAAAAAACUAAUACGAAAUACUUCCUCACAUUUUCAACCCUUUUUAAGUGUUUGGCAGCAAUGCAACGAAGCUAAAAUUUAACGAAGAGAAAUCUUAAAGAUAACAAAAAGGAAAAGAGCAGAAAAAUGAAGGAAGGUUAAGUAUUUAUAGACUGAACUUUAUACUAUGUCCGCACGGUUUAUACUGUGUUCGUACUGUUACCGUUGUUGUUACCGUUACUGUUUCAGUUAUCGUUAAGGUUAACGUUACUGGGGUGGUUAAUUUGAAUUAAUUUAUCUAUGGCUCACAAAACAGGCUUUUUCAUUCGACGCUUUAAAUUGAAUUCGCAAGCAAACAAUAAGUACAAAAGAGAAAAAUACGGUAGAAAGGAAAAAACUUUUAUACAACAUUAGACAACAUGUUUUUGUUUAGAUAAAUAGCGAAGCUAAGUCUUCGUGAGCUUAACUCAGUUGGUUAAGGACAAUACAUAAUAUAUGUAAGGUUCGAGGUUCAAACUCCGACUACCAAAAAAAAAAUAGCAAAGACCAAGUCCUACCAACUAAAGCCUAGCCAAAACAUAUAAAUAUAAAAACAACACUCAAAACAAUACACUAACUCUUCGUGGGAGAGACAUGAGAAACAGAUGCUCGCAUCCGAACUUUAAAAACAUGACCACUCUUUUUUGGGUUAACAAUCUCAAACUUGAAACAGAGAAUGUCACGAACAUUGAUCCCAUUUUCAUCACAAAAUUCCUUCCAUCUCAUUCCCAGCGCAGUUUUCCUCGAAGGUGCAUCCAUGUAGAACUAAUAUACCAACCAAGUGAGAACUGAUGGCACUUAAUGCAUUCAGCUGAAGAUAAAAGUGCAUUGUGCAUCCAACCCGCAAGCCUAUGCUAUGAUAAGUUGGAAUCUGGUCAGGGUUUUCAUGUUUCUUGCUAUGAUAUAUCCCAAAAAGAUUAUCACCAUAGUAACAAAGUAUAACCUUCUCGUUGCUAUGAAAACCAAAUACAUCAUGCAUCUCUUUCCAUCAUGCAUCUCUAACCAUGUGGCUUUUAUCUAAAUAGUUCAUUAUUGUCCACUCUUCACCAAGAUCAUCCUUGUGAUCUUCCAGAAAAAUUGGAUUAACCACGCCAAAUUCCUUAAAAAAAAAGUUUGCAAUGCAUAAGGUGACAUAAAACCAAAACAAUACUUAAAGAACAACAAAUAAAUACUUACCUUGCUGCCAAGAUAAAGAGUAGUAAAACCACCACAUGGUUGUUGUUCAAGGUAAAUCUAGUAAUUCUCCAUAAGCAUUGUCGCUUGAACUUGUGUUGUGUGCAUACCCACCAAACUACUUAUAUAGAGAGAGAGAGAGAGAGAGAGAAAAACGUACAUUUUUUGAUUAAUUUUUUUAACUAUUCCCAUCGUUUCCAUAAUAACGUAAAAAUGGAGUCUAAAACACGUGGUAAGUACACAAAUAUGAAAAGAAAAAAAAAUGGUGGAAGAAAACCUAACAUAAAAUAAAGUAGGAGGUGACAACACGUUGAUAUAUUUGUUCAUGUUGAGUAAUAGUGUACUUUUUGUUUUAUACAAAUAUAAAGUUUGAUAAAACCAAGAACCAAAAAUCUUAAAUUGAUGUUUAAAAUUUUAAGACUAAAUCAAAUAGAGUUUACUUGAUAUACCCAAAUUACAUGUGGAUUUUAACCUCGAGGAUAACCAUACACACCAUGUUUACUAUUCAAUAUAUUUACAAUGUAUGCACUAUAUCUUUUGUUUUUUUGUUUUGUUUACAAUCAACUAUAUUUACUAUAAUUAAUAUACUUACUAUUUGCCAUACUUAUUAUUUAAUCCAUAAACUAUAUUUACCAUUAAUUGUUUAGUAUUUUUAUAUUACUAAAUCAAUAUUAAUAUUACUAUAUUACCAUUACUAUAACAAAAAUGAGGAAUUAGACCCUGCUACUUUUUAUUUAGUGGUCCACAAAAACUUAAAACUAAGUAUCAAAAACAUCAAAUAGUACAUAAAAUAAAAAGAGUAAUAGAUUAAAAUAGGCUUAAUUACUCUUUUGGUUUCUUAACUUAUUUUUUGGUUUCGUUUUGGUUCCUUAACUAUUAAAAGUUUUGUUUCGGUCCCAUAACUUAUUUUUGAGUUUUCUUUUGGUCCCUUAACUAUUAAAAGUUUCGUUUUGGUCCCUUAACUUAUUUUUUUGUUUCAUUUUGAUCCCUUAACUAUAAUACAUUCAUCCUAACAUAAAGGACCAAAGUGGUUGACGGAUGAAGAGUUAAGGGACCAAAACGAAACCAAAAAAGUAAGUUAAAGGACGAAAACGAAACUUUUAAUAGUUAAGAGACCAAAACGAAACCAAAAAAUAAGUCAAGGGACCAAAAGAGUAAUUAAGCCAUUAAAAUAUUAGGCAAUGAUCAUCCAGGUUCUUAAAACUAAAAGCCAAGAGAAUUAAAUGUGAUAUGUGCCACAUCCAAGGGCGUUAGUCAAGCAAGAAAAUGGACAUGACUAAAGGUAAAUAACACCCGGGACAAAAGAAACAUGAAAGAAAGGUCAAAAAGCAAAUAGCUUCCAAGGAUAACUUCAAUAGUUGAAAACUAUUUUCUGUCAUUUUUAUGAUCUUCAUCAAGCAAUGCAUAAAAGCAAGGAGAAUUUGAAACAGAUACCAUUGACAAUGAUGUGAAUGAAAACGUGUAUAUCUUAUAGCAAUAGUUAUCCAUCACCGACAAUAAAAUUGGAUUCAAAAUAUUUUUCCAUCAUAGCAAUCAUGUUUUCUGUUAAGCCAAAGAUAAAUUAAAUCCAACAAAAGAGGUAGAAUGACCAUUAAAAUUAUAUUUCUUCGAACCACCAAUAACAUGGAAAUUACAGGCUUAUUAAAUUAAAAAUAAAACAAUAAAUUAACACCAUAAUAUAGAAAUAAUAAAAGUUAUAAAAGUAAGUUAGAUAAGAGUCGUUUAAAAAAAUUCGAACAGGACUCAAAUUGUUUUUGAUAACUUGGACGAUAUUUAUGUUGAUGAUUUGGUUUUUGAAUCCAUUUUUACGUGGUAGAGUUUUUCUGAGGCAAAACAGAUGGUGUUCCUCGUAGAACUAAAAAAUAUUAUGCCAAGCUAGCUCUUUAACUUACAGCUAUGUACCACUUUGUAUUGCACCUCUUAUUUAUAGUGAAAUGCAUUAGUUAUGCUCCUGUCAAAAACAGAAGUUGCUUAAAAAAUUCAAUCAUCACAGCAAAAUGUGGAUGACUGGAUUAAGUAUGAUAUAGCAUAUAAUGAUUUUUCCUUCUCCAAUUUAAAAUAAAAAACAUUACUUGGUACCACAAAACAAACUUUUUAUUACACACGAUUAAAACAUGUCUAUAAUUCUUAUAAGUAUAGCAACAUAGAACACAAAUAAACUAUAGCAUGGAAACAAUAGAUUAGAAAGUUCAGCAGCAACAUACGUAAACACAUCACAUUUCUCGUGAGACCGCAUGAGGAUAUAAAGCAAAAUACAUCACAUUUCAAUCCUUGACAACCUUAGCAGACUUGGCUGAUUUCUUUGACCUCUUCCGAGAAACCUCAUCAAAUCCUUCACCAAACUCCUCUUGGCAUGAUGACUGGAAGUAGCAAACAACAUUGUCGUCGUUCAAAUCAGGGGUGAGUAUUAAAUUGGAGGUCAAACCUCAGGAGAGCCAACAAUCUCCCCAGAUUCUGCAGCAUUAGAAGGUGAAAGGGCUGCACCCUAAACAAACAAUUUAUCCAUUUCAGCAGGAUAAAAUCCAUCAUUUUCACCCUAAAAUAAAAUUAACGAACACAGUAAAAGACAAUUAACACCCAGUAAAUGCCCGUCAUUACAAUCGAAGUAGUUUCUGUCAACUGAGGAUAUUUAUAUUCAUAUCUCUAUAAAUCAGAAAAAAACUUAGCUGUGGCAACCAUGGAGGCACCCUGCUUGUCAAUAAGGAAUAUAAAGCAAUCGUUUCCUGACAGUGGCAUUAAUCUUGCAACCCUUCAAAGAUGAACAGGCAAAAAGGCUUUAAAAGAAAAGCAAUAAUCAUUAACCAAAUUAACCAAAAUAAUAAUCAAAGGCAAACAAACAGCAAUACAAACCUUCUCAUCAACAAACACCAUCUCAAUUGAAUUGAUCUGUUAUGAUUGAAGAAAAUCACGCACCUCCCACAAACGAACAACACGAAGCUUGAAUCUCCAAGACUCUCUUCCAGGAAGAACAUCAGACAGCAAAUCAAAGCUGCGAUACCUCUGUGACCAGACCUAAGACCCUUGUUAUCAAACCUAACACCUUUCAACAUUGCAGAAGACAUUAAAAAAAAAGAUUUAAACCAGAGCAGAUUGGAAAUCGGAAAAAGAAAAGAAUGAGAUGAGUUGUGAGAAACAGAAAGAAAUCCAGGACUAUUUAUAGAGGAUUUGAAAAAGAGGGGGAAAGAUAAAUUCUCCUUUGAUGUGAAUGGACAUGUAAUUGAAUUAGCUUAAAUUAAUUGGAGGAAUUGAAGGAAUUCAAUCAAACCCCACGUGCAUCUUCAAAUCAUCCUUUAUUCCUUGAUAACGACAGCUUUUUUUUCCUGUAGAAGAAAAAUAGAGAAGUAAACGGUUGUCCAAUCAAUCCCAAAAAAAUUCAAAAAGGCUCAUUAAACCGCGAAAAUUUCACCAAAUAUGUUACAAAAGUCAAACCACCAGCAGAUGAAUAUCAAUGGUCUGCUGAACAAUCUCAUUAACAUUGGUAAGAUUAAGGAAGCUUGUACACCACACCCUCGACCAACUUAUUAUGGAAGAGGUACAACAGCUGCUUACGAAUAGUAGCGUGAAUCCUAACACCCUUCAAAAUCAACAUGACAUACAACCUUGAACAAAAGGACAAAUGACAAAAACAAAAGCUAAAACCAGGGCAGUUUAAAUAAAAACACCAACCUUCUCAUCAACCAACACCAUCUCAACCGAAUUCACCUGUUCAGGAUGAAGAAACGCAGGAGCCUCCCACAGACGCACCACACGAACAAUGAAUCUCCAAGACUCCUUUCCAGGAGCAGCAUCAGAUAACAGAUCAAAACUGCUAUCAGCACCAGCACGGGUCUGCAGACCAGACUUAGGUAUUUUACCACCAUGCCUAGAACCUUUCAACAUUGCAGAUGACAUAACAAAAAUUGAAGGAAAGAGAGAGAAUUGUGGAUGAGUGUGAAAACACAAAAACAAACUAGCCCAAUUUAUAGAACAACAGAGCACAAGCAGCCAAAACGGUUUUAAAAGGGGGGAAUUGAAGGAGUUGAUGUGAAAGGACGUAUGGAUAUAAUAUAUUAAAUAAAGGAAACUAACCAAAACCCAUGUGCAUCAGCGUCUCCCUCGUACCAAUUCGUUGACAACGACAUCCCUUGACCUUUGAGAAACCAGAUAAACUAUUGAGAGGUAAACGGCCCUCACAUCAAACCGCCACAAAAUUCAAAUUUAGAAAGGGGAAAACAACCGCGAAAAUUCCAGAAUUAAAUUGGCACAAAAGUCAAUCCACCAAAUUUCUAAAUCUACAGUGGACUUUUUUUUCACGUCUUGAUAAGAGUAUGGAUUUGAAAUGGUGGUUAGACCUAACACAAUCCCACAAAACCGAUUUGUGAGGUGAGGAUUGCCUCCACUUAUAAAUAAAUUGUCAGGCCAACUCCUAACCGAUGUCGGACUCUUAACACACCCCCUCACGCUUAGGAUUGCACAUCUGAAGCGUGAACAUAAAUGACGGGUGGCCUGAUAACGGAAACCUGAUAACAGGUGGCUCAAAGAAUCGUGAAGAGGCUCUGAUGUCAUAUUAGAAAUGGUGGUUGGGCCUAACACAACUCCACAAAACCGGCUUGUGAGGUGAGGAUUGCCUCCACUUAUAAAAAAAAUUGUCAAACCAACUCCUAACUGAUGUGGGACUCUUAACACCUGCUCCUCCGUUCUCAUAUUCUCCGUGUUUAUUUAUUUUUUCUCUAUUCAUUUUGCUUCUCAUUAGUUUGAUUUCUUUCUUGCUAAUUUUAAGAUUUUGUACUUUGAAAUUGUGAUCAUGGAAACUAAUUAUUAUUGUACAUGGUACUUGUUAUGUCGACAUUUGAAUUGAACCUGUAAUAUUGUGUGAAAGAUCCAAAGAAUGACAAAUAAAGUGGAAUUGAGUCUGAUCCUUGAUAAAUCAAUUUUCAAAUAAAAAACUGAACCAGUCAAAUUGUGAUCAAUGAAACCUAAUAAGAAGCAUGGAUUUUGUUUUCUCCGCUCAUGGCAAUCCCCCACUCCAAGUCUUCAACCGAUCAAAAAAUACAUUGACCUUCACAAAGCCUCUACCCCUAAACCGUCCUUUUGAGAAAAACUUUUGGGUUCUACCCAAGAGAUCCAUCCUAGAGAAAAAGAAGAGUUGGUAGAGAAGAAACUUGUCUGCAUUGAGCUUGAAGCUGGUAAUCGUCUUCUUCCCAAAAUCUAUUUGGAGUCGAAUGUAUUUCAGGAACUAUGUACCCCUUGGAAAGAUAUGCUUGUGUUGAAACUUUUAUGGAAACCAUUGGACUAAAACACCAUGAAGGAACGCCUCCAAAAAGUGUGGAAGCUACAAGGUGGAUUAAAUAUCAUGGAUAAUGAUAAUGGGAUUUACAUGGUAAAACUUGACUAGGCAGCAGACACAGAAAAAAUCAUCACGGGAGGGCCAUGGAUAAUAUUUUAUCAUUGUUUAGCGGUCUCUCAUUGGUGACCUGAAUUUGCUUCCCUAAAUGCUAAAAUAGAUCGCACGGUCGUCUGGGUACGUUUUAAUGGCCUCAAUUUAGUUUCUUAUGAGAAAAGUUUCCUCGUAGCCAUGGCUUCAGCAAUAGGAAGACCAAUCAAUGUGGACACUAAUACCUGAAAGGUUGAAAGAGGUAGAUUUGCUAGAGUAUGUGUCGAUGUAGAUCUUAUUGUCCUUGUUGUUGGUAAAAUUUGGGUCAAUGGUCAUUGGUAUAAAGUUCAGUAUGAAGGUCUUCAUCUUAUUUGCACAAAUUGCGGUUAUUAUGGCCACCUUGGUCGAAACUGCCCCACCACCCCAACCGUGCCGAAAGUCGCGGCACAACCUCAACAUACCCAUCCUCAUCGCCCCACACCAAGGUCAACCCCAAGUCAACCCCCAAAUUUUUCUGAACAUCUAAACAUCAGCCAAGGUGAAAAGGAAGACUUACAUGGUGAUUGGCUUAUAGUUACUAGGGAAAAAAACUAAACUAAACUCAAUCUGCUAGCCUCGUAAAACACACCAAAUGAAUCAAAUAGAUUUAUUUCUUUAUCCCUCGUGGCCCACAACAAUAAAGCUUCCACAUCCCAUCAUACUCUUCCUCCUAACAUUCUUUAUGCUACUUCCCAACCCAAAGACUCUCCCACUUGGUCUUCAAUCAUUCAUGCUAAAAAUGCUCUCAGAGAAGGUUUAUGUCGGCGUGUGGGUUCAGCUAUUUCUUCCUUCAAGUUUUGUCCUUGGAGCUCUCUAGGUCACAUAUGAUCGAUUGUUUCAGUCAUAGACAUACAAUCUCAGGUUUUAUACAUGCAACUUCUCUCAUCGGCAUCUGAUUCCAUCAACAACUUGAACAUUAAGUUCAACCCCUCCUUCGAUGAUGCUUUCAUCUAGGCAUCCAACAAAAAUGGCGCCUACACUACUAAGAGUGGCUAUGCCUGGCUGCUGUCCCAUUCAAACAUGAUUGCUCAUGGUCAAACUUCUUCCUCUUGGUCUUGGAUUUGAAAAUUAAAAUCUUCUGAAAUGCACAAAUUUCUUUUUUUGUUGGCUUGCCAAAAUUAUGUCCCCACUCUUUUAUUGCUCAACAAUAGGAAUAUGGAUUCAUCGACCCUUUGCUCUCGUUGUGGUCUUGAAGAUUAGACUUUUCUUCAUUGUGUCCGUGACUAUAAUUUCUCUCGUAUUAUUUGGAACCAUGUUGAAUUCAAUGAUACAAAUUUCUUCACAGAUAAGAAAGUGAGCCACUAGUUAAAGAAGGUCUCUUCGGGUACCAAGCCUUCCUUUUCAUGGCCACCGUUUGGUGGCUUGGCGUUGUAACACCCUAUUUCUAUUAAAGCGAUAAAACACACGAAUAAUAUAAAUAUUCAAGAAAUAGACGUCACAUCAUCAACAAAAUCCGAAACAACAUGCAUGUAUAAAAAUUUCCAACAGUCGCAGCAGAUAAAAAUCAUACAUCUCAAAAGUAUACAUGCCAUGAUAUCAAAAAAUCUCAAUAUAAAAAUUCUCCAAAUCCCGACAAGUGGGCAAAUCUCCAACACAUAAAUAAAUCCACAACAGAUAAUCUAGAAUAAUCAUAAACAGACACCUAGAUCAAAGCCUAUCCUAGACUCUAAGGACUUGAUAACGGAGAUGGCUUCCGCUAUCCAAGCAACCACCAAGCAACUCACAAAAGCGACUAACCCUGUACUUCGUCUACUCAUCCAUACAGACAGGUAGAUGGUCCAAACCACUAGGGGUAAGCUUUACAUCAAUCAUAAUCAAUAAAAUAAAUUUGAGCAUAUAUGAAUUAAAGUCGAUUCCGAGUACUUCACAUAAACAUUUAAUUCAAUAUGCACAUUCAUAUAACAAUCCCAAAUAUCACGAUCAAGUAUUCACCAAGCAUACUUAUAAUCAACAAUUAUCAUUCACAUCUCAUCACAAUCUUCAACAAUUAUCAUUCACAUGCAACAAUUACGACUCAUGUCAAUAUGCUAUGCGCCUAAUUCCGACACAUACAUGCAUGUGGUACCAAACAACAACAACAAGAUGCCAACCGCACAUCUUAUGUAAGAGUACACCUCCUCUUACGCACAACUAUGUAAAAGUACACCUCCUUUUACAUUUCUCAUAUGACUCGAUAUGACGAUGAUGCAUGGACAUAAGCAAAGACUCAAUAAUGCAAACUACUCAACAUAUACAUACACCAACACAAUGUAAAAGUACACCUACAAUUACAUUGUUCAACUUCAACAACAAUUGCAUUAUCAAGUAUUUACAUCCACACAAUCAACAUGUCAUCAUUCCAUUAAGAGUCGUCCCCAAAAUAUCACAAUUCAUCAACAUAUAUUCAUUAAUCAACUUCAACUAUAUUUUAUAGUUCAUGAACUUUGCAUAAUUUAUCAACAUCCAAGUAAAAUGGAAAAUACAACACCUUCUGAUAAACGUCACCUCAAACACUUACCAUUUACUCACAUAUCUUCAUUCAAACAUAUACAACUAAUCACAAAGGAAUGUAAGCAAUUGGCCUUAAAGAAUCAUUUUUGACAAAAUCCGUAUCAAGUGGCAAACGGCCAACAUUGAUAAUUUCCAAAAUAAAAUACCUUAUUCAAGUUUGAAAAUUCACAAAUCAAUCUUAAUCAAUCAUGUAGUCAUGAGCUUAAGCCACUUACAAACUAUUAGACAUUAGUUCAAAGUAUAGCUUAAGUUCGUAUGAGAAAACCCAAGUUUACAUUUUCCACAUUCCCACCCGAAAUUCAAGUUUAACAUGAUUAAGAUGUGAAACCAACUUUACAAGUCUUGUAUAAGUCUAUAUGAAUGAACUGUAGACCCAACUUGUAAUCCCAUUUAGUUCAAAAAAGUUCAUUUCGACGAAAAUCCAAAAUUUCCAAGAUCCAAGUUUCAACACAAAAUGGAAAAUCCCAAAUUCGAAUGAGUAAAACAUGUUACAAUAGGUUUAGGAGUUCAAACAGUGGUUAAAAAAGUUGAAAGAAACAUUUUACAAAACUCGGAUUGGUGUAACACUCCGUUUUUCCAACUUGAAAUUUUUUGCAUACAAAUCAGAGUAAUCAACUUAACAGGAUGUCACACUGAUCUAAAAGAUAAAUAGAGUAGAAUUACUAUUUAUUCAAAACAUCUCAUGUCAUCAAUUCAAAUCUCAUUGCAGCGGAAAACAUUAAUUAAACAACGUAAUGACACAACGACCUCAACAUAAACAAGUUAUUAAACUCCAUUCUAGGUGGUUCCUCAACAUAAAAUCAUAGAAAUAUGUAACACAAGGAAAACAAGCAAGAUCAUCUCGUUACGUAUCAGAGCGACCCUAAGACGACGCGUGAGAGAGUCGACUCACUUCAACAGCUAUUCCUGGUUAUCUACGCGUUACCCUCGUAGAGGCAAUAUUCAAACAGAAUGGGUGAGAUUUCGCAUCCAAUAAUAAUAAGCAUAUAAUUCAUCAACAUAAUUUAACAACAUAAACAACCACAAUAAAUAAUAUUGAUACUUCACAUAACUUAUCAUUAACAACUCAUUAGUAAUUGACAACUGGACAACAACGACAAUGCGAUAACAUCAACAUCUACUCGACAAUGCAACAACGACAACUUACACAUGAAUGUGGUACCAAUCAGGGCAUCAAACCCCCAACGUAUAGAGAGAAUAGGCUCACAGGGCAUCAAACCCUCAACAUAUAGAGAAAAUAGGCUCACAGGGCAUCAAGCCCCCAACUUAUAGAGCAAAUAGGCUCACAGGGCAUCAAGCCCUCAACUUUAAUGAGUAUGCAUGGACUUAGCAACCAACAACUUAGACAACUUAGACGACUUCAACAACUUAGAACAACAACUUACAACUUGGCGACUUUGACAACAACUUGCAACUUAACGAUAUUAACAAUCAACAACAACAAGGACAACAACAAUAACAACCUGCAACAUUAACCACAACAACUUGAAUGAUAUGAACGACUAUAUUUCUAUAUUAUACAAUAUUCGCAUAAUAUAUGUAUCUCAAAUCAUCCAAAAACAACAUUCAUAUUAAUUCAGACUCACUGAACAACAAUAUAAUUAUAAACCACUUUCAUUCCUACCUGAAAGACUAACUUAGAACGUCACGUGCGACAAGGAUCACAAGAACACUAAACAAGGUUGACUGCCACUGAGUAACUCGCGAGGCGAGCCACUCUACUCGCUAUGCCGAGCUAAAGCUGAUGGCUCUCGGGAGUUUUGACAUUUUUCACUCAAAAAUCUCAUUUUUAACUUCCCUAUGCCCAAAUUUGAUCAAAAACUUUCCUAAUCAUUUCUAAACAUGUUAAUGCACUCAAAACCAUAUAAAACUUUACCCCUAACAUUAAUUCACAAAAUCAUAAUUUUCUCACUGGGUAAUUCGCGAGGCGAAAGAGGUUACUCGCAAUGGCGAGCGAUGAAGAUGAUCACUCGCGAGGCGGGAAGGAUUACUCGCUAUGGCGAGCGAUGACGAUCUGCUCUACGGACAGAACACAAUUUCAGCAAAAAUUUACCUAAUUCCAUAAUUCUAACCUUAAAACUGAUUUUAAUCAUUGCUGUUGUGAUGAAUAUGAUCUACUUUGAUGAUUAAUGUGAGAAUAUUUAUAUAUUGUGAAAGAUGUUGAUAUGAAGUUGUAAUGGUUGUAUUAGAUGAUUAUUGUUGAUGUUGACUUGCUGUAAAUUAUUGAAUGGCGUUGCCUUGCUGAUGUGAUGUAUUAAUAUCAUUAAGAUGCUAAUGUUUAUUUAAGUUGUUUAAGUUGUAAGAUGUUGAUCCAAAUUAUUGGAGUCAUAAGAGAUGUCUAAGUUGUUAAGAUGUUGAGUCCAUUGCAUACUCAUUUACGAUGGGCGAGGGCUUGAUGCUCUGUGAGCCUAUUUACGCUCAAUAAGUUCGGGGCUUGAUGUCCUAGUUGGUACCACAUGCAUGAUUAAGAAGUUGAAGUUGCCUAAGUUGAAUUAAGUUAUGGAAGUUGUAUUGUCGUUGUCGUCGAGUUGUCAUUGUUAAUGAGUUAUUGAUAAAGAACUAAGUGAAGUGUUAAUAUUUAUUAAAUGUUGUUGUUUAUGUUGUUGUGAUAUUAUUAUAAGAUGAUGAAUACGUUGUUGUUUAUGUUGUUGUGAUAGUAUUAUAAGAUGAUGAAUAUGUUGUUGUUUAUGUUGUUGUGAUAUUAAUAUAAAUGAUGAAUAUGUUUCUGUUUAUGUUAUUGUGAUAUUAUUAUAAGAUCAUGAAUACGUUGUUGUUUAUGUUGUUGUGAUAUUAUUAUAAGAUGAUGGAUAAUGCUGUCGUCUAUAUGAUUAUGAAGUGAUGAUUAUGUAGUCUAUGUUGUUGUGAUGUGAAUAUUAUAUUGUGUCUAAUGAGAUGAUGACUAUUCUGUGUGUUAAAGAUGUUAUUUAUGAUGUGAUGAUCUAUGUUGGUUAAGAUUUGGUUGUUAUGUACUAUAUGAUAAUGUUUAUAAUGUGAUGAUUAUGAAGUUAUUUAUGUCGUUAAAAUUAAUUAAUGAAUUAUAUGUUUGAUAUUAUUGUUUUGCGAAAUCUCACCCCUUCUGCUUGAAAAUGUUGCUCUUCGUAUGAGUAACUUGCAGGUGAUCGAGUUAGGUUGCUGUGUUUUGCUGUCGUGAGUGGCUAUCCCUCACUGAGUCGUUUAGGUGCUCUGAUAGGUAAUAGGAUGUGAUCUUUUGUGGCUAUUUUCUAUUCCUUUACGUAUUUGAUUAUGAUUUUAUGAUUAAGUUGUUUAAAUGAAUAAUUAUGAGAUAUUUGAUGAGGCCUGCGUGCCAAGACUUAUUUAUGAUGUUGAAUUAAAUACGCUGCAAUGUUUUGAAAUUGAAUUAUAUUGAAGGAUAAUUAGUUAAUUAUCUCAUUUAUGAUUUUUAGAAGUGUAGCAUUCCGUUUCUAUGCUGAUUACUCUGAUAAUAUGUUUGAAAAUUUUAAGUUAGGAAAACGGGGUGUUACACGAGCGAGAGCAUCUAUCUAGGUUCAAUCUCAUUCUAAUCAUCUAAGGAUCAACUCAAAAGUCAAAAUCACGAAAUUUGGAUAGCUCUAUGGUCAUGCUCGCUAUGGCGAGUUCAUUUGCUCGCUAUGGCGAGCUGCGACGUGCAACUCGCGAGGCGGGUAAGUUGCUCGUGUGGCGAGCGAUGAAGUUCAUCACUCGCUAUGGCGAGGAUCAUAGCUCGGGAGGCGAGCGAUGAAUGUCGCUACGGGCAGAAGUGCGAUUUUUCACAAAAAUCACUAACUCUCAUGGUUUUAAGCCUAAUCUUGAUUCCAGAAUUCAUCAUAAUCAUUAUCUAAGGUCUAGGGACAAUUUCUACAUCAUUCUAACAAGUUUUCACCGUUUAAUCAUCAAUUCCAUCAGUUUUAACCUACUUUUCGAUUUCUCUAAAACUCAUUCUACUUCAUGUUAAACCUAACCAUUGAUUCACAUACUUAACAGAAUUGCAAAGUUAGUCUCACCCUUACCUUAACAAUGAAAAUUGCAGCUCUCUAAGUGCUUCUCCCUUCUCUUAGCUUUUACUCCCUUUUCUUCAAAAUUGAUCGUACGUUAUGUUUUUUCUAAACUAGGUCUCUCCUAUUUAUAAAAAUCCUUAACGUACUUAUUUUUCUCUUAUAUCUCAAAUCUUAAUAUUCUAUUAUAAUAUAUAUAUAUAUAUAUAUAUAUAUAUAUAUAUAUAUAUAUAUAUAUAUAUAUAUAUAUUAUUUCUAUAACGAAUAACAAAUAUAUCUCUAUAAUCAUAUAUAUUUCUACAUUAAAUAACAUAUAUUUCUACAACAAAUCAACAUAUAACUUUACAAAAUAUCACUCAUAAAAAAUAAAUCAUAUAAAUCACACAAAUCAUAUAAGUAUAUUCUAAACUCAUUUAAAUAAUCAAAUAAUUAAAGAGAGCGUUACACCACAUAACCAUUUAAAUCACAUAAAUCAUAUAAAUAGACUAUAAACCCAAUAAAAUAAUUAAAUAAUCAAAUAGGGCGUUACAAUUGACCCCCUAAAGUCCGGAACGAAAAUAAAAGGUGGCUGAAACUGGGCAAGUUCGCUUAAGCGACAACCUUGUUCGCUUAAGUGAACAAGUUCCAGAAGCUACAACAAAAGUUCGCUUCCGGUUCGCUUAAGCGACCCAGUCACAGAACCUAUUGUGAUUGUUCGCUUAAGCGAUCAGUCAUAGUUCUGCAGAAAAAAAAAUUACAGGUUUCAACCCUUUUUCACCCAAAAUUCCAAAUUUUGAUCUCCCCCAAUGCCCAAAUAUGUUUCCAAAGUAGGUUUACAGGUCAAAACAACAAAAAGGGUUCCCAAGCAGACAUCAAACAUGAAAACAAUUGCCAUUUGAACACAAUUCACCAAAUCAACCUAUUUUUACAAAACCAACGACAAUAAUUUAUUUCUCAACAUCAAAUCAUGAUUUAUGAACACCCAAGCCAUGAAUCAUCAACAACAAUAUCUCUUAGCAACAACAACAUCAGUUAAACAUGAUUCUCAUCAUAAUUCAACAACAACAUAACACAAUUCAACAUUUAGAGCAUAAUUCACAAUAUAUCCUGUUCACAUACUAUGAACAUGCAAUUUCACCAACAACAAUUCAAUUAUCAUCAAUUUCAUGUAUUCAAACAUAUCAUCAUAAUUGGAGCACGAAUUUCAACAACUAUGAACAAAAAAUCACUUAUUCAAUUAAGCAUUUAAUCAUGCAAUUAAUGAAAAGUUACAACUAAUUGAUUAUGGUUGAAAUCUAACCCCCUUACCUUAGUUAGUGAACAUCCUAGCCCAAACUUCAAUUUAGCUCUUGGAAAUCUCCACCACCUCUUAGGUCUUCAAGUCUUCUCUCUUCUAACCCUUUUCCUCUUCUCUUGCAUUUUCUCUCUCUCUCUCUCUCUCUCUCUCUCUCUCUCUCUCUCUCUCUCUCUCUCUCUCUCUCUCUCUCUCUCUCUCUCUCUCUCUCUCUCUCUCUCUCUCUCUCUCUCUCUCUCUCUCUCUCCAAAAAUCUCAUGAAAUGAAAAAAUGAAUGCUAUUUUAUCUUAAGACAAGGUUUAUAUAGGCUAUUCUCAAAUGGGCUUAACCCUAAUGCCUUAGUGGGCUUAACCCACCCAAUCACAAUUCUAAAAUGUUUCUACACACUUAACGGUAAAAUACUAACAACGGUCACUUAUCGGCUCACAACUAUUUAUCACACUAGUAACUUAGUAAAAUAAUGGCUCUCACUUGAAACACUAAAAAUACUCCUCACCAAAAAUUACUAAUUUAUCCUUACUCACAAAAUGACCAAAAUACCCACUGAAAGGGAUGCGAUUGGCGACGAUGGAAGUGGUGGUGGGCGGCGAUGGGAGGAGAAGAGAAGCUUCAGAUCACGUUAUUGGGGAAGAGGUGAAUGAAGGAAGAUAAAUUGCAUUUUUUUUUUUAAAGAAGUACUUUAUAAAAUUUUAAAAUAUGUUAAGACAUUUGUUACCUUACCCAACUUGUAGCUUUUGGGAAAGUGACGAGGUCAAGAGAUGAACUGAGUUUUGUACACCUCUAAUCAACUUAUACUCUACGAUCUUAAAUAUUUUUUUUGCAUUGUCAUUCCAUAAAUUUCGGAUUGUUUUUCCAAAUUGAGUCUUAAUUUCUAAGCAAACCAUCUAAAAAGAUACCAAAUAAUUCAGAACGAUUAUUCAAUAAAGUGAUCAAAGUACAUCUUGAAAAACCAUCAAUAAAAGUCAAAUGUGGUUGUUUUAGAUAGAGACCAAAUACAUUUUCCAUUUUUAACUAAGUAGUGUAAAAAUAGUGUUUUUAUUUAAAUUUUUUUUUAAUUUUUUUAUAGAAGUCAAAUGUAUUUGUUCUAAAUAUGAACCAAAUACAUUUUACUUUUUACUUAAAUUUAAGAUGAUAAAACAAUGUUUUUUUUUAGGGGUAGUUGUGUUUUUGAUAAGCAACUUCAAAUAACAUUUGAGCUUUUUAUUUUUUUCUCUAAAUUUUAGCCUAAUUAUCUUUUAAAUAAGUAAAUAAUCCUUAUAAAUAUCUAAAAUUUUGUUUAGUCAUACAGAAAUUACACCUUUUAGUCCUCGUAAGCAUUUUCAUUUAGCAAUUUUAAGGACAAAAAAUAUUGAUGAAUUUUUUUUCAGGAAUUAAAAAUGUUGAUGGAAAAUUUUACAAAGGUUAUAAAUGCUGACAAAUUUUUCUAUGAAGACUAAAACAUACAAUUUUGUUUUGAGGGAUUAAAAACAAAAAAAAUCUAAAAUUUUGUUUUGAGGGAUUAAAAACAAAAAAAUCUAAAUAUUUACAUGGAUCAAUUACUUGAUUAACCCUUAUCUUAAUUGAAAUAUUAAAUUUUUAAUUAAAAAUAGUUUUUUCUACGUCAUUUCAUAUUCAUUAACUAAUUUAAGCACUUAUUUUAUCAAAAGCUACAAAUUCAUUUCACUAUCUUAUAUCAACUACUUUGUCUACCCUAACUAUGAGACCACCUUCUACUUUUUUUUUUUUUUAAUAUAAAGACUAUUUUCAAAAUUCACAUGCACUUAUGUUUUUCUUGCAAAAAUACCCUUAUUUAACUUUUUGAUAAAUAUAUAAAACUAACAUAAAUUUUUGAUAAAUUUUUCACAAUUUUAUUUUAUUUUUUGCAGGAAUUUUUCACUACAAUUAUUUUUCUUAAUACCUAUUAACAUUGUUGGAGGAUCUCUCUCAAAAAUUUGUCAAAGGAGCUUUUUUUUUUCCUAAUAAAAAAAAUUAAAUGAUAAUAAAAAUUUGAGUUUUUCUACUAGCACCCUAGUUAAUCAUGGUUGCACCUCAAAAUAACAAGAUUACCCUUUCAUAAAAUUUCAUCUUAAACUUAGUUGAAGUAGGUCAUAUAAAUUGAGUUUAAGUGUAUAUACUUAAUCUCAGUUUAAGUAGGUUCAUGUAAACUGAGUUUAAGUAGGUCAUGUAAACUGAGUUCAUGUAAACUAAAUUUAAGUAAGUGUACCAACUUAAACUCAGUUUAAGUAGGUUCAUGUAAACUAAGUUUAAGUAGGUCAUGUAAACUUAGUUUAAGUGCACAUCUAAAAGUUCAAUCUUAUUCAAUGAUUAUACGUCAUCUCAGUUUAAGUAUGCACAUGUAAACUCAGUUUAAGUAGGUUCAUGUAAACUUAAUUUAAGUAGGUUCAUGUAAACUCAGUUUAUGUAAGUUAGGUCAUGUACACCCAAUUUAAAUUUAAGUAGGUCAUGUAAACUUAGUUUAAGUAGGUUCAUGUAAACUCAGUUUAAGUAUGUUCAUGUAAACUCAGUUUAAGUUUAAGUAGGUUCAUGUUAACUCAGUUUAAGUAGGUUCAUGUAAACUUAGUUUAAGUAGGUUCAUGUAAACUCAAUUUAAGUAGGUUAAUGUAAACUCAGUUUAAGUUAACCUUGCCAAUGUAAAUUAAAACCGUAAUCGUACAGUGCAUCAGUGCAGUUGAAGGAAAAAAAUUGAAACUAGCAAAUAGAAGAAAAAAUUCACUUACUUAUAUCCAAUUGAGUAUGGAUGAAAAAUAUGUUGAUUCACUCUUUAAUUUUCAUGGGGAUUGAUAUUGAACAUCAAAUUGUUUGAUCGAUCGCUUUGUGGGGUGAAAGAGGGUGAAACUCACUGGCAAUGAAUAAAAUUAGGGUUUUAAGAAAAUUUAUAUAAAAGGACAAUUUUGGUAUUAUCAAAAACUUUUAAGAAAAUUUGGAUGAUUUACUCCAAAUUUAUAUGUAAAAAAAAAAAAAGAAAAAAACACAUUUUCCUUUUAUUUUAUUUUUUUCAAAAUGAUUCCUAGGCAAAUCUCAUGCUUUGCCACGUGAAAAAUUCACACUUCCCAUCAUCACAACAAACACAUACUUUUGUUCCUGUUUUUUUUAACAUUAAAAAAUGGGGCAAUUGUUGAAUUCAUACAAAUAUUCCAUUUGAAACAAAUUUUCAGUUACAACAACUAUCUUCAUCUUCUUCAAUCAUUCUGCUUCCAAUGGAAAACCUUAGAAACAACAAUUCAAUGACGGAAGAAGAAGACGAUCCCGGAAGUGCAUUAUCCUUCGACUCAACCGAAUCAAGAUGGGUUUUUCAAGAAGACGAGGAUCCAUCUGAGAUCGAGGAUUACGAUGCUUCUGAUAUGCGCCAUCAAUCUAUGUUUGAUUCUGAAGAUGAAGAUAAUGCUGAAAUGAAGCUUAUUCGUACUGGUCCUAGAAUUGAUUCGUUUGAUGUUGAAGCUCUUGAGGUUCCUGGUGCUCAUACUCAUCACUAUGAGGUGUGUGGUUUUUUUUUUUGGUAGUUUUUUUAAUGCUUGGUUUUUGUAUUAAUGGAUUGAUUUUUAGUAAUUAUUAGUGAUUAGGUAUUUAAUUAAAUUGUUUCUCAAGUUGUAUUUGUACUAUAUUAUGUUUGAUUCCGCCUUUUGAGGAGUCGAAAUUGAUUCGAGUAAUGUAGAAUUGUUUUUGAGAGAAGACGUAUAGAUUCUAGAGGAGUAGAAUUGAUUUUGGAAGGGGAGAAAUUGAUUCUAGAGGAGUAGAAUUGAUUUUGCUUGUAGAAUUGAUUCUAGUUGAAGCUAGUAGCUUUAGGGUUCUUGUUGUCCGUUUUGAUUGGCUUAUUUUUGAGUUUAUGAAAAAUAGCUUAUGCAAAUAAAUAAGCUUUUAUAUUAAUUCAUAAGCUCUCACUAAAAAAAAUUGUAUAUGCAUAAGCUGUGUUUUCAUAAACUACCUUGACAAGCUUAUGAAUAAUACAUAAAAACUUAUUUAUUUGCAUAAACUGUUUUGCAUAAGCUCAAAAAUAAACCAUUUUACAUCCAACUCACUUUUACUCAAAAUCAAUUUAUUCAAUAUCAAUUCUCACAACCGUAGAACCAAACACACCUAAGGAGAGUAGAUCAAAUGAAAGAUAACCAAAGGUAGAGGAAGAUCUAGAAAAACUAUAAGAGAAACUAUUAAGAAAGAUUUAGAGAUUAACAAGUUGGACUGAAACCUGGUUUACGAUAGAACAUUAUGGCGUAAUUUGAUCCAUGUAGCCAACCUCACUUGGUGGGAUAAGCCUUGGUUGUUGUUGUUGUUGGUGUAUUUUGACAUGUUUGAUUGUUCUCUAGUAGAAUUGAUUUUGCCUCAAGAAUUGAUUUUAACUUGAAGCCAGAAUCUUUUGGCUUCCAGAAUUGAUUUUUUGCCUUGAAUUUAUUUUUCAACUCACUUUUGCAUCAAUGAUGUAUCCACACAUAAACCACUUUACAUUCAAAAUUAAUUUGUGUCACCGCGUAGAACCAAACAUACUUUUAGUGUAUGUUUACUUCCACUUUUUGAGGAGUCAAAAUUGAUUCUAGUAGUGUAGAAUUGAUUUUGACAUGUUUGGUUGUUCUCGAGCAGAAUUGAUUUUGUCUCAAGAAUUGAUUUUAACUUGAAGCUAAAAAUCGUAGCUUUUGGCUUCUAGAAUUGAUUUUUAUCUUUGAAUUUAUUUUUUAACUCAUUUUUGCAUGAAUGAAUGUAUCCAAACAUAAAUUACUUCACAUUCAACUCACUUAUAGUCAAAAUCAAUUUUACAUAAUCAAUUCAUUCAAAAUCAUUCAGAACUAAACACACACUGUGCUGAUCAUAAGAUUCGUUAUGCAGCUGUGAUGUGAAUUCUGCUAGUGUGUAUGGUUUUACAGUAGUGAGAGCCAAAAGUGAGUCCAAACAUAUUAAAUUGAUUCAACAUGUUUGGGUGAUGUCUAUUGGAAUUGAUUUUUCCCUAGAAUUGAUUCUAACUUGAAGCUAAGAUUUGUCGUUUUUAACUCAAAACGUGAUUUUUACACUCAAAUUUAAUGUUUAACUCACUUUACGCGAAUGUAUGUAAACAUAAACCACUUCACAUUCAAUUCACUUUUAACUGAAAUAAAGUUACAAAAUCAAUUUUUGUCAGUUUUAGUAUUUUUUUGUAUCUAUUUUCUUCAUUGUGUUUUGUUGUUGCAGGAUAUGACCACGGGAAAGAAAAUUGUGUUGGCUUUUCAAACUCUUGGUGUUGUCUUUGGUGAUGUUGGAACAAGCCCAUUAUAUACCUUCAGUGUUAUGUUUAGAAAGGCACCUAUUAAUGACAAUGAAGACAUUCUUGGAGCAUUAUCACUUGUCUUGUACACUUUAAUCUUGAUUCCUUUCCUCAAAUAUGUUCUUGUCGUUCUCUGGGCCAAUGAUGACGGCGAAGGUAUGGUGGUGAAUUUAGUCUUUUAAAGAUAAAAUAUUUCUUUCUCAUUUCCUCUUAUAUACUCUAUCUUUGGUUUUGUUUAUAGUUGUUUUGAAACCAUUGCAGGUGGUACAUUUGCAUUGUAUUCCUUGAUUUGUCGAAAUGCUAAGGUGAAUCUUCUUCCCAAUCAGUUGCCGUCAGAUGCCCGUAUAUCAGGCUUUAGGCUAAAGGUUCCGUCUGCUGAGCUUGAAAGGUCUUUAAAACUCAAGGAAAGGCUGGAGUCUUCAUUCACUCUGAAGAAGAUUCUGCUAUUAUUAGUUCUUGCUGGUACUUCUAUGGUGAUAGCUAAUGGGGUUGUUACACCAGCAAUGUCAGGUUACUUACUGCUCUAGUAUCAUGUAUUGUGUAACUUCUACACAAAUGCUUUUGUCAUAGUAUGUUUAGAAUUCAGAUUGAUAGAUAUAUCAUGCUUGUAAAUUCUGAUGACAUCUUGCUGCUUGUGUUCAUGGCCAGCUGUUGUUUUCAAUAAGCUCUUGUUUACUUCAUAUUGAUUCUUACUUUACAAAAUUUUCUUCUUGCAGUACUAUCAUCUGUUAAUGGCUUGAAGGUUGGGGUAGAUGCAAUUCAACAAGGUAUUGUGUUAACCUAUUAACAAGCUCUUGUGCGUUAAUACCUGCAUUUGAUAUUACCCACAGACACAUUAUGAUCAUAGCAUAUCUUUUGUCUUUCUUUCUACUUAGAAAUUAAUAAUUUUUGCUUCUCCAUUAAUAGCACUAGCUUUCGAGGUAUUAUUUUGGUGUGUAAAGUUGCCUGAACUAUGCUUUGGUCCAUUGGUGAGAAAAUUCAGUUAUGUGUUGAUAGGGUGCUUAUGCUUUGUAUAUUAAUUCAACCUAAGUGUGUACAGGAUGCCGUUCCUAUAGUUUAGGCAAAUCUGGUGGAAACUGGGAAAAAUUGGUUAAAUAUUUCAAUUUUAGAAUUACUUAUGUAGCUGGAUUAAUUUUUUCUACUUUUUCAUUGAUUAUGCAGAUGAAGUGGUGAUGAUUUCUGUUGCUUGCCUUGUCGUUUUGUUCAGUUUACAGAAGUAUGGAACAAGUAAAGUUGGGCUUGCUGUAGGACCUGCAUUGUUUAUAUGGUUCUGUUCUCUUGCGGGCAAUGGUGUAUACAAUCUUGUCAAAUAUGACAGCAGCGUUUUUAGGGCUUUUAAUCCUAUUCACAUCUAUUAUUUCUUUGCAAGGAAUUCAACUAAAGCAUGGUAUUCUCUUGGGGGCUGUCUUCUGUGUGCAACUGGUAAACACAUAUGCAGAAUCAUUGAUAUGGUAGAUGUGAUAAUAUAUAUUCUCUCUUGUCGUGUAUAUUUUGAUUCUAUUGAUGUCUCUGUUUUUCUCUAUUUUUAAACCAAUGUGCUGGUAGCAAUUACAAUGGCUAAUUUUGAUUUUUCCAUUUACUAUCUGAAGUUUAAUGAAAUGCCUACUGGCAUCUAUCAUGAUUUUGAGAUUCAAUGGAGUUUGGGACCUGAGUCUUUCUUUUCUUUGGUGCUUGAAAAAAGAUUCAGGUUUAAGUGCUUAAGUAUUGAUAGUUAAGAGUACCACUGAUCAACUUGGUAACAUGUCUUGCAUGAAUGAUCAAGGAAUAUAGGCUUCAAACCAUAUAUUGUCUUUGAAUUUAAAACACGCAAGAAAUCACCAGACCAUACAACAAAAAGUUUGAAAGCAAAAAAAUGAAAUGUAGUUUUUUAGCUGGUUUACUGUUUUUUUUUUUUUAACGACAAAUGUUUGUUUUGUUAAUAUUUAUGUUGGGAUGGAUGGGUGGCAGCUGGUUUACUAUAUAGGAGGGACUGCAUUUUUCUGUUAUAGCAGUCUGAGUAUGCAGAGACUAGCUGCUACCCAAAAAUGGGAUGCAUAUGAGCACCUGAGUGAUGCAAUGUGUAGCCGCUAUAGUGUUGCUUUUGUGUGCCAUAGAUGAUUCAUUAUUCUGAAUAAAAUACCCUGUCAUAGUGGUGACAUGCAUCUAGUAUAGAAAAGCAGGAGUAUUGAUUUGUGGGUUGGUUAGUUUUUUAUUUGAUUACCUGCUUGGGUAAACAGCUUACCCUGUUAUCAUAAUAAACGCUUAAGUAUAUGCUUGCAUAAGCUAUUUUUAUAGCAAAAGAUAAAAUAGCGUUAAAUUGUUUCUGUAUGUGCUAUAAGUUGUUUACAUAAGCUAUAUUGGAGAACUUAUGAAAAUAAGUUGAAAAAAACACAUGAACAUUGUCAUAAGCUGUUUUCAUAAGUUCUCCCAAACGGUCUCACAAAACUUUGCUAGUAGAUAAGCCCAAAUAAACCACAAUCCAGACAGGCCUGUGAAAUUCAUGGAAAAAUUAUACUAUUGUUUGAGAAACAUGUAUUAUUCCCAUUAGAGUUGGCUGAAUUAGUAUGAUUAGAUAGUGUCGAUAAAAUGGUAGUUUUGAUUCUAGCCAGUGGUCUUUCGUUGAUAGGUCAUUUGUAAGUACCACUGUAAGCUUUUGAUGAGGGAUAUGGGCAUCCAGACCUUGUAGCAAGAGACAAACUCCCCUUAAGGCUGUAUUUUGGAUUGUUUGAAAUAAGAUGAACUGUAAUAAAAUCUUAUGGGACAUAUUGCAUUCUAUUUCAUAGGCCACCUCUAUCUUUCUCUGCUCUUCUUGGGGUAUGUAAUUGAAAAAAAAUAAUAUUUAUUAAUCUUGUUGUCUACCCGUCUACUUUUUAUACAAUGGUAUGAAAAUUUAAACCCGUUUAUCAUAAAAAUAUAUCUAGACAAUGGUGUGAAAAAUUAUUUCAUUCAACUCCACUCUAAUCUAUUCCAUUCUACCCCAUCAUUAAAUAUCCUAACACAGUCUGAUUUUUGUACGCCAAACAAAAAAGCUAUUACAUUAUCCUCCCCAUCACGUUGAUGUUGAGAUGCGGUAAAUAUGUAUUUUUGAUUUAACUGUUGCUGGCAUGCACAAAUCCCAUCCACUAUGAAUUAACAUUGUUAUUGGAUCAUGUUACAGGCUCUGAAGCCAUGUUUGCAGAUCUUUGCUACUUCUCUGUUCGAUCAGUUCAGGUAAUGAAUCAUGUCUAUGUUUUAUCUAUCAUGGCUUCUGGUUGGAAUUCUUUCACAUCUUUUGUCAUAUCAACUUAUAUAUUGAUGAAACUGAUGGUGGUUUGUUUGCAGAUUACAUUUUUAUUUCUUGUUUUGCCGUGCCUAUUAUUGGGUUAUUUGGGUCAAGCUGCAUACCUUAUGGAACACCAUGCUGAUGCUGGUGAAGCCUUUUUUUCUUCUGUUCCAAGUAGGUGUCAGUAUGUUUGCAUGCUUUACAAUGGCUCGUCUCUGCACUUCCCAUAAACUUCGGUGUAAUACUAUUCUUUAUUUGCAGGUGGUGCAUUCUGGCCAACUUUUCUCAUCGCCAACAUUGCUGCACUAAUUGCAAGUCGGACUAUGACAACAGCUACAUUUUCUUGCAUAAAACAGUCAACUGCUCUUGGUUGUUUCCCUCGACUUAAAAUAAUUCACACCUCUCGUAAAUUUAUGGGUCAAAUCUAUAUCCCUGUCAUAAACUGGUUCCUGUUGGCUGUUUCUCUGGUGUUCGUCUGCACUAUAUCCAGCAUUGAUGAGAUUGGAAAUGCAUAUGGUAAUUCUUUUAUUUCAAAAUAUUUAUUUUAUCUUGAUAAAUUUUUCAAAUUUAUCAGCCGCAUGCAUUAAAUACUUGUCAAAUUGUAAGUUUAGUGGGAUCGACUAUGUAGAAUAGAUUGCUCGAGAAGCUUAUGGGGCUGCAAUUAACUGGAAAGGCACUGAGCUUCACUCUUGAUAUUUCUCUUUGGAAAUUCUUGAAUAUAGUCCAAGAAUACUAAUAGUGUCGGUGGAUCCUUGUUUAAGAGGACCCAAUUAGCUUUUGCUGGUUGACCUGAAUUUACACCAGUAUCAUAAAUUUACCUAGCUUAGAUACCAUAGAAAUCUGCUGAAUGUGUGAAAAUGUUCAUUUAGCAGUUUUUCAAACACUGGCUGUAUGCUCAGAAAAUAUGAUGUCAGUAUAGGUAUACAUGGUUUCAUCCAACAAUUCUAUUCCAAAUGGACGAGAUCAAGCAUUGCCUCCUCCCCAAGAUUUCAUAAUGGUUCGGGUGGAAGAGAGGUUUCCCAGUUCCAAGGUUAAGACCAUGGUUUCAAAUUGUGGUCGGUAUCAGCAAUUGUGGCUGCAGUAUUGCUGUUGUAUCCUCCGCAACGGCUUCGCACCGCAAUUGCAGUGGGAUCUCCAGUCACAUGUACAACCACAUCGUAACCGCAUCACAUAAAGUUCAAUAACUAAUAUAUUUUGGCCAUGUUUUUCCGAAUCAUCUGACUAAAAAUUAAAUUUUAGAACCCCGAAUCCCAAUCUGCUUUAGAUCUAAUGAAAAUCUUACCUUAACAAUUUCUCAACUGUGUAUUUCAAGGACUUCCCAACCAGUAUUUACAGAGAAAAUUGAGUCUCUGCUAUGGUGGGUAAGUAGUGUAGUGGGUGAAAAUUUAAAAUUAUUUCACGCCACAAAGUGUCGCAGCAACAACAAUGACUGCGAUCGCAACGACCGCAGCCACAAUUCAAAACCAUGGUUAGAACAUGCGGCAUGCUUCAACAAGUGUUAGGCUCUGAUACCAAUCAAAACCCAAGACCUUUUAUUUGUAUGCUACUCGAUCCUACUGGUUUAACCAAUUCUCAUUGGCAAAACAUUUCUUAUUUAUCCAGGGAAAAGCUUUAACCUCGCGGUUUGAGCUUGUAAAAUGAAUAUGUCGAUAAUAAUUGGAUCAUGCAAGCUUAGAUAGGGGAAGACAGUUUUUUCUUUGGUUCUAACUAAAACACUGAAUUUCUUCAAUAUUGUUGUAAUAUAUUAUAUAUGAAAAUGUAUUUGUUUUCAGCCUGUUCCUUUGUCAUCUUUCAGGCAUUGCUGAGCUGGGGGUGAUGAUGAUGACCACCAUUUUAGUUACUCUUGUUAUGCUUCUUAUAUGGCAGAUGCACAUCAUCAUAGUGAUGAGUUUCCUGGGAGUCUUCUUGGGUUUAGAGUUGGUUUUCUUUUCAUCGGUUUUGUGGAGCAUAACAGAUGGAAGUUGGAUUAUAUUGGUCUUUGCUGCAAUUAUGUUUUUUAUAAUGUUCAUAUGGAACUAUGGAAGCAAGCUCAAGUAUGAAACUGAAGUCAAACAAAAGUUGUCACCGGAUUUAAUGCGAGAAUUGGGCUGCAAUCUUGGGACAAUACGAGCUCCUGGAAUUGGUCUACUUUAUAAUGAGUUAGUCAAAGGAAUUCCAGGAAUUUUUGGGCAUUUUCUAACGACACUUCCAGCAAUACAUUCCAUGAUAAUAUUCGUGAGUAUCAAGUACGUUCCAGUUGCUAUGGUGCCUCAAAGUGAAAGGUUUCUAUUUCGGCGUGUUUGCCAAAGAAGCUAUCAUUUAUUUCGUUGUAUUGCCAGGUAAUAAGUGCUAUAAGUGCAUAUUACUUUUUAGAAACAUGCUAAUAGUGCUAUAGCUUCAAAUCUCCCUCUCUCCCCCCCUCUCUCUGGAAUAGGUUAGGAAACAAUUUGGGAAAAUUUAACAAAGAUAUUAGUAGCUCUUUGGGGUAGUUUGUUAGUUCAUGAGGAUGCAAUAUUUUCAUCUGAGACACCGUGUCUUGUAGUUUUGUGCUGACCCCACUUAGUGGGAUAAGGCUUGGUUGUUGUUGUUGUUGUACCGUGUUUUGUAAUUUUGUCUUUGUCAUUAAAAUGUUUCUUUAUCUUACGUGUCUGAUCUGAACAUUUAUAUCUCACAGGUAUGGUUACAAAGAUGCUCGCAAAGAAAAUCACCAGGCUUUUGAACAGCUUCUAAUGGAGAGCUUAGAGAAGUUUAUACGUCGCGAGGCACAGGAGAGAUCACUGGAAAGUGAUGGGGAUGAGGAUACUGAAUUGGAGGACGAGUACGCUGGUUCUAGAGUUCUCAUAGCUCCAAAUGGAAGUGUUUACUCACUUGGUGUUCCCCUUCUGGCUGAUUUUAAUGAAUCAUUCAUGCCCAGUUUUGAACCCAGCACAUCAGAAGAGGCAGGCCCUCCGUCUCCCAAACCCCUUGUGCUCGAUGCAGAGCAACUUCUGGAAAGAGAGUUAUCUUUUAUACGCAAUGCUAAAGAAUCUGGAUUGGUUUAUCUUCUUGGUCAUGGAGAUAUAAGGGCAAGGAAAGACUCUUGGUUUAUUAAGAAGCUAGUUAUAAACUAUUUUUAUGCCUUCCUGAGAAAGAACUGCAGAAGGGGGGUCACAAAUUUAAGCGUACCGCAUUCACAUCUAAUGCAGGUUGGAAUGACUUACAUGGUUUGACUUUGACCAUCAAUUUUGCAAUCCAAUAAUAUCCCCGCAUUGAACAUCGUUCCAGCUCUACCUUUGGAAAUUGUUUCAACUUUCCUUAUGAGCAUGAGCAUGUGCCGCGGAUAUAUGGAAUUGAAAUAGGCCAAGAACAGAAAUAGACAGAUACAUGUAGAAUUUGGACAAAAAAAAGAUAUAUGUAAAAUUAUAUUAUCAAAAGAAAAAAGAACCUGCAAAUGGCUAUGCACACAUUUCCUUAUGAGUAUGAAUAUGUUUAACAGAGUUUUGUACAUGGGAAGACCUAUCUAGACUAAUUUUAUUUUCAUUUGCAUUAAUUGUUUGCCUGAUCUCUUUUGAAGAGACCUUCUGUUGAUUGAAGCUUAAUUGAGAUUAUAUUUUCUUUUUGAAAUAUUACAUCGUGCCUUUCCCUUGGCAUUAUAACUAUAAAUUUAUGAUUGACAAAAACUUUUCUGACACUAGUUUACUCAUUGGAAUUGAGAAAGGACAGGAGGAAUCAAAACUUUUGGUGGGAUGGAAGUAUUGGUAGAUCUAGAAAUGUAUGUAACUUUUUUUGUUCACUAGAAUGUAUCCAACUUGAAACUAUUAUUAACUAAUCAAUGAAAGAAAAAUACAAUCAGGCACAAGACAAGAGGUGCAUAUCUCAACACUAAUAUAGGGUCCGUUUGUUUCAGAUUUUUUCCCUUAAAAAAAAAUCACUUUUUUCAUUUUUAAGUGUUUGUUUAGGAUUUUUAGAAAAAUCAUUUUAUCAAAAAAAUCUAUUUUGACCCUAAAAUGAAAAGCUAUUAGGAUUAGCUUUUCUCAAAAUCUAUUUUUUUUAACAAGGAGAUAACACAUGUGCAUGUUAUAACUUAUUUUAAAAUAAAAAUAAAAAGGAUUUUUAUGGAUAGUAGGCAAACACAAAUAACUUCAGAUUUUUUUUAAAAUCUCUAAAAAAAAUCUCUAAAUUCUUUUGAUAUAAAAUCCAUUUUUUUUUUUAAAACUGAAACAAACGCAUCCAUACUCCACUACCCCUAUUUCGAAUACAACAAAUUAAGGCAUUUCUGGUAACUGAUUCCAUUAAUCUCUAUCCAAGCCAAACUAUUAUCAAGUCCUUAACUCCAUUCUGCCAAGCAUCAAUCCUGUUGAUAGAUGAUAACAAACACCACCACCAACUCAUUGAUUUGAUGAGAUAUUGUGUAAUGAGUACUGGUAAACUUUCAGGAUAUAAAAUGCAGAUUGAAAGUACAUUUUAUUUAUUGAAGAAUUCCGACACGAAUUGAAAGUUUAGACAACAAAGGCUAGCUAGAAAAUAGAAAUCACUAUUUGAUAAAAAAAAUCGAUAAAAACAUGACUCAAUGAUAACCAAUAGGAGCUGGAGCCUCUUUCAGUUCUUUUCCUUGAUGGUGAAUAUCCUACAAAAAGAUGAACACAACAUUCAGAGCAAAUGAAGAGGAAAGAAAUUAAAAUCAAGAGUGUUUUAAACAAAUUAUAAUGACUUAAAAAAGUUUUUCAUCCUUUUUUUAGACUAAGAUAAUAUAUUUAUAGAGACGAAAAACACAUUUAACAAAAUUAAAAUUGACAGAUUAAAAAAUAAAUAAUUACGAUUGACACUCACCGAAGCAAAGUGAUUGACAUCCCUAUGAUGAGCCUCAUCAGCACGAAUAACAGUGAUAACAUCCUUAAGAGUUGCAUCCUUAGGAAGUCUCCAAUAAUCAAUUGCAAUAGCAGGAGCAGGUACAUUUUCAACUUUACCACUCUCAAUUGCAUUCAAAUGUUGUGUAUAUGAAAUCACAGCUUCCUCCUCUAAAUAACCAACAAACCUGUGUGCAGUUUUUGGUGAGAGUAUGUAAAAAACAAAGAAUGCAUUGAAGAAAACUCCUUGUGCAGUAAUAACCAAAAGCCUUUCAUGCCAACUUGGUUUUACAAGCUCUACCAUUGUCAUCAAAUGCAUCCUCUCAUUCUCUGCUUCUUCAAGUAAUGCUUUGAUCCAACCACCAGUGUGUUGAAAUUUUCUUAGAGACUUCAAGUGUAAAAGCAUCCCUCCCACCAUUGGCGGGACGGCUGCAAUUGUUUCCAGCAUCAUUGCAUGGCAUCCGUACCGUUCCUGCAGCAGUUAUAUUUCAGAUUAAUCAAACCCAUCAAUCAAAAUUCUUCUAUGUAUCAAGUUACACUUCACUACAACACAUCGAAUUACUAGGGAAUUAAAUUUUCUUUUGUUGUCUCAACACUCUCGUUCCUAGCGGGAAUAGGCUAUGGUAAUUUAGUGUUCGGUCCAAAAGUAAGUAAAUUCUAGUAAAAAGUUGUUCUAGUCAGAAUCGAAACAAGUGAAUCAAUAAGUUACCACUAAGAAUAAAUUUUGUUAUGGAUAGAAAUAUAUGUUAUGUAGCAGUAGAUAAGCCCACAAACCUUGAAAUACAAAUCAGAGAGAACCCUUAGAAACUUGACAGAUCUGAAAGCAAACUUGUCCCCAAAUGUUUUUGGUACAUGAUGCUUGGUCACAUCUAUUGACACAUCUGAGCUGUAACUUUCCCAUGGCUGCACCAGACAUCAUACAUAGAGAACAUAUAGUAUGAGACAUUAUCGAAAUACAAUACUGUUAGAUCAACAUUGAAUUUCAUUGAUCUAAUGCUUAAAUCAAAAGUUUUUAUCGAAUAGCUCAGCUCGACAAAUUUGAAUAAAAUUACUUGAUGCUCUAUUGAAUAAAUUCAAAUCAACAUAUAAUAUAAAUAAGUCUAUCUACAAAUUUUAGGUUCAUAAGAUUUUUUUUGUGUAUGAUCAUUAACAUAAAUAAAUUCAACAUUUAUAAUGAAUUAUUAAGCAGAAUAACUCAGUUCAGAUUUACUUAUGCAUACAUUAAUUUUGAUACCUCCUCUAUAUAGUAUAUAUUCUUACCAUGAAACAGUUCCAUGGCCACUCAGUUCCAUCCUCCCUUUUAACCUUGGGCCUAGUGAUUCCCCAGUAACUCGAAACGACGGUGUUGCUGUCAUUACUGUUCUUAUUCUCCUCUGAAUGCUGAUCCUUUUUCUCUGGCAGAGUUGACAUCUUCUGCCAGUAGAAGCUUCCACGAGUGCCACCGCCAUUCUGGUGUCUCGGCUGAACUAUCACCGCAGUUGAGAAGCUGCAGUGAUAGUUGCGACUACUGUGGAACAGAGCUCGUGCCGUUGACCUUAGUAAAGAGUUUUUCAUGUAGAAUGUUUUUGAAUGAGUUCUUGGAUGAAAAUAGUAGCUCAGAAGUCAGAAGUGGAGAUUUAUAACAAGGAGUGGAGAAUAUAUUAAUAAUUUAAUAUAUAGUUUUUGUAUUAAAUUUUGUAUUCGUCACAAAGGGAAGAAGAAAGGUAGUGGAAGGUCUCAACAAUGUGGUUUUGUUGCUUUCCAUGUUUAAUUAUUCGUUAAAUUAGUGAUUGAUUAGUACUUACUACAAAGUUGGAAUUGAAAAUGUUAGCAGCCACUAGCUUUUUGGAAUUUUCUCUUCCUUGAUCCCAUUCUUAAUUAUAAGAUUCUUUAAAAGAUUUAUUUAUCCUUAAAUAUAAGAUGAUCCAUUAGAUUCAUUUUUUAAAUAUAUCUCGUAGGACUACAUCAAACUAAGUUAACUCCAAAAUACUCACUACCCUUAUUUUGAAUACAAUAAAUUAAUUUUACUAAUAAUUGAUUCCAUUAAUCUCUCUCCAAAGCCAAACUAAUAUUGAUUUUACUAAUUCCAUUCUGUGAAGCAUCAAACGUGUAGAUACAUGAUCAUCACCAAGACCACCAAACAAUUCCUUGAUUGGGUGAGAUAUUGUGUAUUGAUAAACUUUCAGGUUACAAAAUGCACACUGAAAAUACAUUUUAUUUAUUGAACAAUUCAAGCACAAAUUGAAAGUUUAGAGACAAAAAAGGCUAGAAAAAAGAAAUUACUAUAUUUUGAUAAUUUUUUUUUGACAAAAACAGUGACUCAAUGAUAACCAACAGGAGCUGGAGCCUCUUUCAAUUCUUUUCCUUGAUGGUGAAUAUCCUACAAAAAGAAGAACACAACAUUCAGAACAAUUUAUAAUGGGUCAAAUAUAUUUAUGAAUUCAAUUGCAUGCAGUCAACAAUCCUUUGCAUUCACGCAGUUGACACAUACUUGACCAUUGAGUCGAGAAAGGAUAUGACGAUCCAUAAUUCAAUGCCCAUUUUAAUAUUUAUAAAAUUUAAAAUAUCGAUCUUAAAAUUUGAAUGGUCUAAUCUCAAUCCAACAUCCACAAAAGGACCGACUGUGUGAACGCGGAGAUUACCUAUCGUAGUUAAUUCAAAUUCUAUAUUUAUAGAGGGAUAUGAAAACAUAUUUAUCACAAUUAUAAUGAAAAUAUGGCAGACUUACAGAAGCAAAGUGAUUGACAUCCCUAUGAUGAGCCUCAUCAGCACGAAUAACAGUGACAACAUCCUUAAGAGUUGCAUCAUUUGGAAGUCUCCAAUAAUCAAUAGCAAUAGCAGGAGCAGGUACAUUUUCAACUUUACCACUUUCAAUUGCAUUCAGAUAUUGUGUGUAUGAAAUCACAGCUUCCUCCUCUAAAUAACCAACAAACCUAUGUGCUAUUUUUGGUGAGAGGAUGUAAAACACAAAGAAUCCAUUAAAGAAAACACCUUGUGCAGUAAUAACCAAAAGCCUCUCAUGCCAACUUGGUUUCACAAGCUCAACCAUUGUCAUCAAAUGCAUCCUUUCAUUCUCUGCUUCUUCAAGUAAUGCUUUGAUCCAACCACCGGCAUGUUGAAAUUUUCUUAGAGAUUUUAAGUGUAAAAGCAUCCCUCCCACCAUUCCAGGGACCGCUGCUAUUGUUUCUAGCAUCAUUGCAUGGCAACCAUAUCGUUCCUGCAAUAAUUAUAAUUCAAAUUAAUCAAUAAUUUAAUUUUGAUACAUUGUGUCGCUGUAAAAAAGUUUCGUAGAGGCUGAACUUGGAAUAACCAAGUCUCUUCUUCUCAUGUAAACCAAUCCGAUUUACUACAACACAUUACAUUGUUUUUUGGUCUUGACAAUCCGAUUUUUUCACGGAAAAAGUCCUUACCUGGUAGUAAUCCAAAGUCGGACAACGGAUUUUUUGGUCUUCAUGAAGCACCCUAAGUAAUUUUUAUGUUUCAUUUAUAUUUUAUAUAUAUAGUUGAUGGAUAGAAUUAUAUUUUAUGUAGCAGUAGAUAUUCCACAUACCUUGAAAUACAAAUCAGAGAGCACUCUUAGAAACUUGACAGAUCUGAAAGCAAACUUGUCCCCAAAUGUUUUUGGUACAUGAUGCUUGGUCACAUCUAUUGACACAUCUGAACUGUAACUUUCCCACGGCUGCGAAAAAAGAUCGUAUGAGAAAUCAUCCAAAUACAACAGCAUGCAAGAUCAAGUAACUCAUGCCCUAGAAUUAACUUUAAGAUAUUGUUUGAAAGAAUUUAUGAAAACAGUCAGUGAUUUUGUUCAAAAGUUGUUCAACUUAUUUUUAUAAGUUCUUCAAAAUAGUUAAUAAAAAUAUUUACUAGCUUAUACAAAAAUAAUUUAACUUUAUUUUACUUUUUGCUAAAGAAAUAGCUUAGUAAGUUGCAAAUAUCUAAAUCAAUUUAGAGUUAAUACCUCUUUCUAUAUAUGUAUUCUUACCAUGAAGCAGUUCCAUGGCCACUCAGUUCCAUCUUCCUUAAGAACCUUAGGCCUACUGAUACCCCAGUAACUCGAAACGACGGCGUUGUGGUUGGCAUCUUUUUUGCUCUCCUCUGUCUGCUGAUCCUUUUUCUCUGGCAAAGUUGACAUCCUCUGCCAGUACAAGUUUCCACAAGCACCGCCGCCAUGCUGGUGGUGUCUCGGCUGAACUAUCACCGCAGUUGAGAAGCUGCGGUGGUAGUUCCCACCAUUGCGGAACAAAGCUCGUGCAGUUGACCUUAAUAAAAUGUUUCUCAUGUUGAAUGUAAAUGUUUUAUGACUAUUUCGAUGAAAACGAAUUGAAGACUUAUAUUUAUACAAGCAACAAAUUUAGGAGUGUGUAUUAAUAAUUUAACAUAUAGUUUUCGUAUUCAACUUUGUAUUUGCCACAAGGACAAGGUAACUCCAAGAAGAAAGGUCGUGGAAGGUUUCAUGUGGUUUUGUUACUUUAGAUGUUAAAUUAUUGAAUUGAAUUUGCAUCAGUGGUUGUUGAUUAGUUGCCACAAAGUUGGAAUUGAAUAUGUUCAGUCAGCGUUGCCACUAAGGCUUUUGUGGACUUUUCACCUCCUUUGAUUAUUAUUGUAACUAUUUUCUUUUUGACUAGAUUAUUACUGCUUCUAUUAUUUUUGUUCAAUUCAAUUCAAUGGUUACUUUCUUUAGCGUGAUGCAAAUGUAACGCAAUAUCCCCAAGGAAGAAGGAACUAGAAUCUUGGGAAUAGUCUAAAUGCUGUUUUUUCUUUUGACUUUAGAGGAAAAUUCAUCAAAGGACGGUUUCAAGAGAAUUAUUACAAUUUACAAUCAAUUUGAAACCACAUUAUUUGUUAUUGCAUUACUUUUUUUUUGAACAAGCAUUAUUGCAGUACUUAAAUAUGUGUUUGUAUUUUUUAUUUUUUUGCAAAUACGUUUUUGUAAUGUUUCUUUUACUGAAUUUGUACAUGUAUUUUUCUUUAUUUUUGUCUUUAUCUACUUGAUAUUAAGUUCAUUAUAGAUAUCUGUUUCUAAAAUGCUGUUGAAGUUUGGAGUGGCGUUGUAUUUUUUAAAGAUGAGACGAAGAAUCAUGGUACCGUGAAAGCUAUGAAACAAAGGUUCUCUAUUUUCACGAAAGUAGCUCUUUUAGACGUGAAUUUGUCUUUUUCAUCGUCAACUCUUACUAUCCUUGGUGGAUAAAUCAGUUUUGGCAAAGAUAUUGCAAUCGUUUGGAGUUUUAACCUAACCAUAGAUUGAUUUACACAAAUUUGAGAAUUAGUGAGAUUAAUGAUCACUAAGAUUAUAAAUAUUUGUUUAAAUUAAUCAUUAUGAGAGCAUCCUAUUCUUUAUUAUAAACUCAUUUGUUAUAAUUAGGUUAGUUUAUCGGUCAAAUUAUAGAUAUAAGUCGACUAAGUUGAUUCACUUAUGAUGUAAAAGAUUCAAAUCUCAUUGUCAGAAUGAAAACUUCUUUAAUGAAUAACUUGUAAGUAUAUUUUUGAGUCUUAAAAUUUGUUGUGACCCUGAUUAACCCAAAUUCUAAUCCACGAAACGAAAUGACAAUCACCAUUAAAAAUUUACACACAUAAAUAGAAGACCCUAACUUUGAUCCAAUCACUUACAUCUACUCUAACAAUUUCAACAUUUUUGUUAGUUGAAUUAAUUUUUUUGGACCGUGUAUAUUUAUUUAAAGGGUCUUGUUAAUGAAUGCUCUCGAAACCUUAUAUAAAGAUUUAAAAAAAAAAAAUUAUUUUAUUAAAAUGUCAAAACAUUUCGAUUUCUAAUGCAUUGGUUAAAAAAAAAAUGUAUUUCGUAAAAAAUUAUCAUUUCCCUUAUCUUAUUUGAAUAAAUGGGAAAGUAUUUUUUUGAGUGUAUCUCCAAAACUGGAAAAACACCUCCCCAGGCUUAAAAAUCAAAACCCUUUCUGCCCAAAACCCAGUGGCAGAGCAUAUCAGAGCUGAGCAGUGUCACUCUACAAAUCUAUAUCUAACAUACUCAACUGCCACCGUCGAUUCUCGAACCUUCCAAUUCUUCCCACCCCCGUCACAAACGAUGUCGGAAUCAAUUUGCAGAUCCUUACGCGACGGCGCGUUAGAAGGAGAACUCUCUCCCACUCUCACUAUCAAAGACACUCUCUCUUCACCUUUCGCAUUCAACGUUUUCUCUCACAUUCUUCUUCAACUUUCCUCACCAAAAUCUCACUCCAACACUGCUAUUCUCAUCGUUGCACUUUCUCGGAGUCCCUCAUUUUAUGCUCAUUUGUUGAAAAACAAGGGAAUCGAACUUUCUUCUUCUAACAAAUGGUAAUUAUGUUCAAUUUUUAACUUCCUUCUUGUUUUAUAUUUCUGGUUUUUACUGUUUACUCUCUAUUAAAAUUUUCAAUUUUCAUUUUUAAUGUGGAGAUUGAAAUGACAUUUAGGCUCUGUUUGUUAAAAAGUAUAGAUAGUUGAUAGUGGAUGAACUUAUAAGUGAAUUGAAUUUGUAGUAAUUGAUUAAGAUAGUUCAAACAAGCUGUUGAACUAGCUGUUAAAUUUAUUAUUUUUUUAUUAACGUUAGAAAAGAUGCUGCUAGAGAGAUAGUUGAGGUAUAUAAUAGAAAAGAUGGUGGAAAAUAGGCUUAGGUGGUUUAAGCCUAUAGAGAGAAGACCUGUAGAUUCGGUGGUAAGGACAGUAGAUUGGAUGAAGGAUAGUCAGAUCACAAGAGGUAGAGGAAGACCUAGAAAAACUGAGAAACUAUUAGGAAUGAUUUAAUGAUUAAUGAGUUGGAUUGAAAUAUGAUUUAUGUAGAACAUUUUGGUGUAAGUUGGUCCAUGUAGCCGACCCCACUCAGUUGGAUAGUAAUAAUUGGUUGUUGUUGUAUUAACGUUACUUGAAGUAGCCUAGAAAAACACAUUAUAAGCUCACAAGAAACCGCUGUUAACAAAGAGGUCUAUUUUGGUCCUAUGAGCUUUUAAGCUAUAAGCUCAAACGUUCAUCUUGCCAAACAGAACCUUAGUUGUAAAACAGUUUUACACUGACUUCCAACACGAAUCCAUUAUUUUGUUAUGUCACCCCACUUUUCAUAUGGUUGGAUGCUGAUUGUGUGACGUGGAAAAAUGGUGGCUUCUCAUUGGAUGUCAGUGUAAAAUUGUUUUACCCUGGCAGAAUACAACCGUUAAACUCUUUUAGAGUUUCAUUUUUGAAAACAUGUAUAAUGUCUUCUCUAAUGUGUUAUGUUGCAGGAUUCAUGUUUUGGAUUGUUAUACAGAUCCUCUUGGUUGGAAGGAUAAGACAAGGAAAUCUGGAAAUGUUACGAUUCCUUCUGACCAAAUUUCACUUGCUACUACUUCUUACAAAUCUGUCAAGGAUAUGGAUAAGUUGUUUUUGGCGAUUACUGAAUUGGGAAGAGGUAUUUUUUGCUGUUAGGUUGUGAAUUGUGAUCUUUUUUCGCUUCAAGAAACAUAUUUAUGUCGCCUAUUGAUUUUUUUUUUCUUUUCAAUUCAUAUACUUGCAGGUUUAGUUGGAGAAAAUAAAGUCCGCUUUUGUGUUGCCAUAGACUCGGUAAAUACCGUUGACUUAACAUAGCUCUGAGUGAAGUUGAAUUUACUGUGUUGGUCUAUUCUAGUCAAUGUUUAUGGCUUUGUAAUGUAUACGGUGAUUGGUUUUUUUACAUGCAUUUAGCUGAAAAUUUUAUGAUUAUGUAACUUGUAAGAAGGAUUUUUUUUUCUUUCAUUUAUUUUCAAGCUAAAUCAAAUAACCUUGAUACAAUAAUCUUUUUAUGAUAUUCUCCAUCAGUUUCUGAGAUUUUUACCUUAUCUAUGACUAGUAGCUUGAGUCACAAACUUGAACAAUAGAUUCUCAUCAUAAGAAGAGUCUGUGUGUUUACAUUGUAGGGGAUUCAUGCUGCUUUAGUUGUUAAUUUAUUUUGUAUUUUAUAAAGUUGCUAAAAAGGUGAUUGAGACUUGAGCUCUUUGAUAUUGUUCUAUCUUUACACUUUUGAGCCCACUUCUGAUCUGGCAGGUAACCCGACCCAAUUUGUUGUUACUUAGUUGAAAAUGAUUAGGUUGAGUUGGUUAGACAGUUAGGAUGGCAGUAGAGGUAUGGUAUCUUGUCAUUUUUGAGAGAAUUGGGGCCUUUGGCUAGGAAGAUUAAGACUCUCGAAGUUCUACAAUAUCUUUGUUAUUGGACAGUUUAUCUCUAUUCAUUUUCUAAUAAAAACCAAUUUGUGAUAAGCUUCAAAGAAACUUGAAAGUAUGGAUGGAAUAUGUCAGUUUGCCUCAUCUCUUAAACUCCCCAGAAAUAAACGAGCCAUUGAGGCAUUAUAAAGAUAUCAUGUUACAACUUAAUGAUGGAAUUGGAAACUUUUUUUUGUGUAUAUAUAUGUAUCUGACUAUCUAACUUUCUUGUGCCCAUUGUCAAAAAAGAAAAAGAAUUUUUGUGCCUGCAAGUUUCCAAAAUUCCUUUUACACUAGAAUUCCUGAGCAAGAAGUUUUACAAUUACUUUCAAUUCCAUUAAUAUUCUAAUCAAGACUGUUCGGUUUCUAUGUUUUUCUUGUAUUAUUUGUUUGUGUAUAUAUAUAAUCCUAAUGGAUUCUUUUUGGAUAUUAUCAGCUAAGUGAACUGUUGAGACAUGCAUCUUUGCAGUCAGUCGCAGGCCUUCUAAGCAAUCUGCGUAGCCAUGGUAUUUUCUCUUGUACUAUUUUGAAUACAGUUUUUUGUACAGUAUGUCUAAUUUGUUUUUAUUUGAUUGAGUAAAUAUUUUAGAGUACCAGAAGUCUAGAAUGUGAGUUAGUUGAUUAUUUCAGUAGAUAAUAUUUAUGGCACGGGUUGGCUUGACACUAACAUUAUCUUCUCUUAAAUCAUUGCUGUUGUAUGAUUGCAGAUCAAAUUUCAAGUAUAUUUGGAUUAUUGCAUUCUGACCUUCAUGAGGAGAGGGCUGCAACUGCUCUUGAGUACAUGUCCUCGAUGGUGGCUAGUGUAGAAUCAGAUCAUCAUUCUUCCGAGAACUCCUUAUCGGAGAAAAACUUUACCCAAGGAAAAUUUAAUGUCAGACUCAAACGCAGAAAUGGACGAGUUAGAGUGACGGUGAUCUCUUUAUUCCUUAUUGCGAACAUAUUUGGAAUUGCUAAUCUUCAAAACCAGUGAACUGAUGUAAGAUCGCUUUUAUUCAGUGUGAAAAGUUUAAAGUUGAAGCAGGAGGAAUCAGCUUUACUUCUGUUUCAGCAGAAGAUGGAACGACCGUUGCAGGCUUACUGCCAAAGGUCAGUCAUUACUCUUUAGUUUCCUGUGAAGUCAUGUCUCUUUCACUAGAAGCAAUGGCCCAACUCCUAAUAGCCUUGUUAUUAUUAGAUAUUUAUUAUUAGUUUUCAGAUAAAAUAUAUCCAUUAAAGAGAUCUUAUUUUUGUUGUGUCCCCCUUUAUAAAAGAGAGCAUAUCAUUCAAUGGUAUUUUUUCUAAGGAAAUGAAAAUUUAGAUGCUAGGUGUGCCUAUUUGAUGCUUUGAUUGAAAUGCUGAGUGCUUCUAACAUUAAAUUUAGGAUUUUAAAUUGUGGGCCGAUUUAGAUCAUUACAGCAGAUGUAAUCUGCCCUCAUAAUCAGAUGUAGUUGCUUAGAGCACCACAACCUAGUUGAUUGUACAGGACAGUUUUUAUGAUAAAAUCUAUCAAUGUGUUAUAUAUAAUUUGCAAUUGGUAUAAUCUGUUUUGAAGAAACAUCUCAUGUGCUGAUGCCAUGCCUGCACAUGCUAAGCACUUAGUUUGUUCACCUUCUCGUAUACACAUGACGGUACUUUUACAGAAUAUACACGUAUAUGCAUCGUAAACACAGUCACAAACAGUUGUAACAGAGACCAAACAAGAUAUGGUGUGUGAUAUGAAGCUGAAAACUUUGCAUUGACCGCAAAUAAAUAAUAGGUUGAAACUUUAUGUUUUUAACAGGUACAAUUCAAUCUCCAACUGUCAGAGAAGGAGCAAGUUGAUAGGGCAAAGGUUGUGCUUCCUUUUGAACACCAAGGUAUGAUAUAGAUUUGUAAUUGAGCCAUUUCUUACGGUGUUUAAAUCAUAUAUGUCCUCUUAUGCCUAAGCUCUUCUCUUUUAGGAAAUGGUGCACCGAUUCAAAUUUAUGAUGGUAGAAGAUCCCUUGAAGAGAGCAGCAGUGACGGGGCACCUCUUUCAAAGGGUAAAAAGGAGGACUCAGACCUAGGUGAGAUUAUAUAUUUUCGUGAUUCAGAUGAUGAGAUGCCAGAUUCCGAUGAAGACCCAGAUGAUGAUUUAGAUAUAUGAAUGUGCUUUAGUUAGUGUCUUAUGUAUUUCUAGGUGACUUAGAUUAGGAUUGUGAUCAAACAAAAUUAUUUAAAAAAAAAUCUGCCCGAUAUUGUUUAGCCAAUGUUGUCAAAAUUGCGCGUUAAAACGUAAAAUUGCCCUAUUUUGAGCGACUUGACUUGCAGUGAAAUCGAAAUACAAUCCGAUUUUGAGCAAUUUGAGUGAAAUCAGAAUACAUUCUGAUUUUGAGAGAUUUGAGUGAAAUCGGAACACAAUCCGAUAUUGAGGGAUUUGACUCGCAGUGAAAUUGGGUAAAAUCGAGGUACAAUUGAGUUAAUUUAUUUUGAUUUUACUCGUUUUUAUUACCCAAUAUUGAAGAAAUUAACUUUUUUUGGGGUUUGUUUUAACUUUUAACUGUUGACAACUUUAGAAACUUAUUAAACUCUUCUCUUUUGGGUAGUUUUUUGUGUGGAUGUUUUUAUGAUUUGGAUUGAUAAUUUAUGCUGUUUGAUACAAGUUACGAGCUUGACACUUCAUUAUGGAGAUUUGGUAUGUUUAUGAUUUAUAAUUAAGUUGAAAUUUUGGAUUAUUGAUGCAUUUAUAGUUUUUUUAGUAAUGCAUUUAUAAUAUUAUAUAAGUAUGUGUAAUUUAUAUAAUAAUUUUAAUAUUAUUUUAGUUUACAAUUCGAUUCCAUCUAGGCAAAACGAGUUCAUAUAAAAACUCGAGUUGACAACCUUAUGUUUAACUCAACUGAAUAAUUCAUCACAUUCGUCAUAUUGUACAGCCUACAUAGAAACCUGAAAUUGAUUUUAUGAUUUCGACAACAUAUCUAUUUAGUGCUCAGUUUUUACUAUUAUCUCUCUGUCACUACGCUCUUCGUUCCCUCGUUUCUAAUCUAUCUUAGCGUGGUUAUUGACCAAAUUCCUCUACGUUUUUGUCGCCGUAGAAGUUUAUGUCAUCGACUGGUCUUCAACCAAACCAAACCUACUCAUAAGUCACAACCAGGCAGAGAUGCCAAACCUACUCACAACCAGGCAGAGAACUGAAAACAUAUGUAUAACAGACCAUUGUGCCACCAUAUUGACAUGUAACAAACUGCAAAAACUGAAUACAAAUCUACAAACGAUUAUACCAAAAUUGGACAGGUAGCAAAAUAAAAACCUCAAUUAUGUUUUAAUUUUUUGCAGUAAAGAAAGCCUGAAUUAUGUUGAUAUAAGAUUCUGUUGAGGUAUUUAUAUGCCAUACAGCAGACUACAAAAUUACUCCAGUUACAAAAUUGCUCACAGUUACAAUCUAAACACCGUAAACAACACCAUAGAGCUCAUCUAAACCCUUCAUAUGAUGAAGAUUGUUCUUUUGACACCGAAAAAUUGCUCACAGGCACCUAAAACACGUCGAACGAAAGUUAAUUGCAGUUCAGGCACUUUUUAAAUCAGUUAAACUGAUUUAAAAAGUGUUCUCAAAAUAUUGGUUUUCGGCAUUCAUCAUUUUCAACUUGAUUUGUACAUAGCAUUCAUGUUUUUGAAAAAUCUGUAUGGUAAGCAAAUGGCAUUUAUGAAUGUCUAGUCUAAUGUGAGAGAUUUGGCCCCCUAAUUGUUCGGUCGGUCCUAAUAACAUAAUAACUUCUGUAUGGUUAGUACCGUAUAUAUCUCUUACACAUCCACAAAUCCAUAAUCAAACACAUCACUAGUUUAGAGUCAGACAAAAAGGAGUUCUUGAUAAUCCUCAACCUUAGUACUUGAUCCAAACCAAACCAUUCAUUGUAGAGAUGUCUUCUGCAGCAAUAACAACAGUACUUGCUUUCCUUAUCUUCACUUUCACAUAUUUUUUAUCCAAACUAUUCUUGCAUCCAAAACAAAAAACCAUCAAUCAUAAAAAGCCACCAGGUCCACCAUCACUACCAAUAAUCGGAAACCUCCACAUAUUAGGCACCCUUCCACAUAGAACACUUCAAUCACUCUCCAAACAAUAUGGUCCAAUCAUGUCCUUACAACUAGGUCAAGUCCCAGCUAUUGUCAUUUCAUCUUCAAAAGCCGCAGAGUCAUUCGUCAAAACCCAUGACAUCGUUUUCGCAAACCGACCGGAACUUGUAGGAGCACAGAUCAUGUCUUAUGGUUGCAAAGGGUUGGCGUUUUCUAAGUACGACUCUUAUUGGCGUAGUGUGAGAAAACUUUGUACUUCAAAACUUCUUAGUGCUUCGAAAGUUGAGAUGUUUGGUCCUAUUAGGAAGGAGAAGUUGGAUGUUUUGGUUAAAUCUUUGGAGAAAGCUGCUCUGGAGGGUGAGGUUGUGAAUGUUAGUGAGGCUGUAGAGAAUGUUAUAGAGGAUAUUGUGUAUAAGAUGGUGUUGGGUCGGAGUAAGUAUGAUCAUAUUGACCUAAAGAGGUUGGUUCAAGACGUAAUGGCUUUGAUUGGAGCUUUUAAUAUGGCUGAUUAUGUUCCUUGGUUAGGCACAUUUGAUCUUCAGGUAAUAUUUUUUUUAAGUAUUCAAAGUAUCUGCAUUGUAAAAUCAGUAUGAUUAACAUAUUUGCAUAUGACCAAAAUCAAAAUGAACUAUAUGUUAUAAAGACUAAAACCGAAACACCAAAAAAGAAAAUAUUUAAUGUUUUCAGUUUUAAAAACAAAUAAAACAUUUAUGGUUCCAUUAAGUUCACUGAAAAUAUUCAAUUAGAAAUUAACGUUAUCAAUUUGACUAUUUGUUAGGGCUUAACACGAGCCUGCAAAAGAACCAACAAAGCACUUGAUGAGGUGUUGGAGAUGAUAAUAUCAGAGCAUGAACAAACCACUAAUACAGACAAAACUCGUCAUGAAGACUUUGUAGACAUACUUCUCACUUUUAAGCACCAAAACAUUGAUCAUGGGAGUGAACAAAAUCAUGUCAUUGAUCGAACUAACAUCAAAGCUAUUUUACUAGACAUGGUUGUGGCAUCAUUUAGUACAUCUGCUACCACAAUUGAGUGGGCUUUAUCCGAACUUUUAAGGCAUCCAAGAGUGAUGAAAAAUCUUCAAGAUGAAAUACAAAAUGAAGUAGGAAAUAAGAGAAUGGUUGAAGAAAAGGAUUUGAAGAAUUUUAAUUACUUAGAUAUGGUGGUUGAUGAAACUUUAAGACUUCAUCCAGUUUCACCCUUCUUACUCCCUCGUGAAUGUAGAGAGAACAUAACAAUUGAUGGUUAUUUUGUAAAGGAAAAGACACGAGUUAUAGUAAAUGCAUUUACAAUAGCGAGAGAUCCUAAUGUUUGGUCAGAAAAUGCUGAAGAAUUUUGUCCAGAGAGGUUUAUUAAUAAGAAAUUGAAUUAUGAAGGACAAGAGUUUGAAAGUAUACCAUUUGGAUUUGGUCGUAGGCGUUGCCCUGGAAUUCAAUUGGCUUUGAGGACUGUUAGGUUAAGCAUAGCUCAAUUGGUGCAUUGCUUUAAUUGGAAACUUCCAUAUAAUAUUAGUCCUUCUAAUUUGAACAUGGAUGAGAAAUUUGGACAAUCUAUACAUAGAGCUCAACACUUACACGCAAUACCAAGUUAUCGUUUGGCAGGUGAUGGCAAGCUUGAAUAGUAGUUCCAAGAGGGACAAUAUUAUGUUUGCAUUCAACAAGGUUAUUACUAGUAAAGAUGCUUUAUUUUUAAUUAGUCUAAUGGUGUUUGUAUAAAAUAUGUUAAUGAAUACUUUUGAUGGCUGAUUCUGCACACAUAUGUGAGCUAACUUAUGAACUACAGUGUAUUUGGGCUAAACAACCUAAUAGUUAAAUGUUUAUGAACUAAAAGCUUAUUAUAGGAAAGGAAGAGAUAUUGCAUUAAAACUAUCUUUACAUAAAUGCCAAUUAUCGUGGUAUAUGUGUAUGAAUUACUUGUAGCCUUGUAGGGGAAUUUUCUCCCCCCAUCACUAUCCAAAUUUAGAAGUGGCAAAACAGAUUUAUCCUUUGAAUUGGUCCGUUUAACCCACCAUUUUAAGCAAAUUGAGUUGACGUUUUAAGUUCAUUCUCUAAUUUGUCCGUCCCAUCUAGCCUGAUGAAAAAGUGGGUUUUGAGCUGCAGGCUUAUGAAAAAUUGUUUCUUUAUUUUUAUUGUACUAUAGUCAAUAAGAAAGUGGCCAAAUUUUUAAAGAUUGUUUUUACCCUUAAAAAUAGUCGGAGGAUUUUUGUUUUAUUCAUACAAGAGAAUUUAAGACAAGAAGCAUAUUUUAUCUAAUUAUGCUCCUUUAGUUUAUAGUUAAAUAUUUACAUAUUUUCUUAAAUAACUAAGAAGUUUUUUUUUGAAGGAUUAAAUAACUAAGAAGUUAGAGAUUUCACGUACUUAAAAAAAAAAAAAGUUUGAGAUUUCAUUCUUUGACAAAAAUUCUAACUCAAUUUAAGUUCGAAAGAACACCAAGUCACCAACUGUACAUGAUUUAUUAAAAAUAAAAUAAAAAGAGGCGACAUAAUAUUCCUAUCGUAGAUGCAUAAUUUUUUUUAGAUGUAAUGUAAUUGAAUAACUACUAUUUCUCUAAUGUUUCUUUGGAGGGAACUAAAUCGUCAAUAUCUUUGGAGCGGAGUUAUUUGCAUCGAAUGGAAUGUGUACUUUUUUUUGCAGCACAAUAUUUGUUUUUGUCAAAACAACAAUAAUAAAAGAAUAUUUAAACCAAAAAUACAAUUAUUUUUUUCUUAUGUGUUUUCAAUAAUUGAUACUAUUAAUGUAACUCUCUGUUAGGGAUUAACACGAGCCUGCAAGAAAACAAGUAAAUCACUUGAUGAGGUGCUGGAAGUGAUAAUAACAGAGCAUGAACAAACAACUAAUGUAGACAAAACUCAUCAUGAAGACUUCGUAGACAUACUACUCUCAAUUAAGAACCAAACCAUAGAUCAAAAGAAUGAACAGAAACAUGUUAUUGAUCGACCAAACAUUAAGGCAUAUUACUAGACACGGUUAUGGCAGCAAUUGAAACAUCUGCUACCGCGAUUGAAUGGGCUUUUAUCUGAACUUUUAAGGAAUCCAAGAGUGAUGAAAACCCUUCAAGAUGAUAUACAAAAUGAAGUAGGAAAUAAAAGAAUGGUCGAAGAGAAAGAUUUAGAGAAGUUAAGUUACUUAGAUAUGGUGGUUCAUGAAACUUUAAGACUUUACCCUGUUGCACCCUUGUUACUCCCUCGUGAAUGUAGAGAGAGUAUAACAAUUGAUGGAUAUUUUAUAAUGGAAAAGACACGAGUUAUAGUAAAUGCAUGGGCUAUAGAGAGAGAUUCUAGUGUUUGGUCAGAAAAUUAUGAAGAAUUUCAUCCAGAAAGAUUUAUUGACAUGAAAAUGAAUUAUGAAGGACAUAAGUUUAAAUCUAUACCAUUUGGUUCUGGUCGUAGACGUUGUCCUGGAAUUGAAAUGGGUUUGAUCACAAUUAAAAUGGUUAUAGCUCAAUUGGUACAUUGCUUUAAUUGGGAACUUCCAUGUAAUAUUAGUCCUUCCAAUUUGAAUAUGGAGGAGAAAUUUAGAUCACUCUAUUCCAAGGGCUCAACACUUGCACGCAAUACCGAGUUAUCACUUGACAUGUGACAACAAGCAUGAUUAGGUUCAAGAAGGAAAAUGCUAUGUUUAAUUUGUAUUCGUCAAAAUAUUAUUAAUUACUAAAUACAUUAACUUUUUUUAAAAUUUAGAUCGAUUAAUAACUUGUCUUUGCGUCUGAUUUGCAGUAGGGAAGAGGGGUAUGUUAUUCAUAUUAUGCAUAGUUGUCCAAUGACAGUUUUGGCUUGGAACCACUUUGUAGAUAAUAAAUGGAAGCUUGUUUCUAAUAGGAAUUUGUUUUACAGAAUUGAGAUGAACUUUUAUAUUGGGUAAGCUUCGGAGUGUGCGGUUAUGGUGCUUAAGGAACCAUUUCCAUAGUAAAAUGGUUUUGACAUAAUUGGGUUGAGAUUUAUACAGGGUGCUGGAAACCAUUAAGUACAUCUAAUAGUUUUUGAGUAUAACUCACAAAAACCAUUUCUAAAUUUAUGCAGGAUCGUAAGGAUUUCUUUAUGCACCAUAACCACGCCAGCUUUAAAGUCAUUUGUUAUUUAUUGUUGAGGUGAAGAGAUAAUUUAGUGCAGUCCUCUUCAUGCUCUACUUGGGAUUUGAAUAAACUAUCAAUUAAUUCUUAAUUAUGACUCCAUCUUCAACUUAGUCUUUUUUUUUUCUUUUUUUUUUGAGAGAGUCUUCAACUUGUUCUUAAACUAUAUAAAUUUAGUCUUUAACAUAUACUCAUUUCUGUCCUUAUUAUAAAAAGAAAAACACUUGAUCAAAAAAAUAAAAAUAAAAAGAAAAACAAAAAAAAUAUCAAAACCAAUGCAAUCAUUAUUUAAUGUAACUUUUUUGAUAUUUUUACAAAUAUACUCUAAUAAAAAAUUAUAAAACAUUAAAUACACUCAUUAAUAUUAAAAAUAUAAACAUUAAAUAAAGGAGUAUUAAAACUUUUUAAACAAUAAAUACACCUUAAAAUUUGCCAAAAAAAACUACAUUUUAAAAGUUGUGACGUUUUCUUAUAAAUAUAACCAUUUAAAAAAAAAUUAUAAUAAGAAUAAGAGGGAGUAUAAAAUAUAUGUCAGUUUAGUCUUUACUCGUAGAAUUUUCAUUUACUUUAAGUAUUGUUAUGAAAUUAAUCUAAAGUAUGGCAAGAUAUUGUGCAACAUCGAAGAGUAGAGAGAAAAUGAUACAGGGAGAACAAAAGAGUAUAUUGUAUUGCUUUUCAAGUGUGUUUUCACACUAAAAUACGAGUAUUAUUUAUAGGAUACAAUCUGAGCAAGUGAAUGAUCAAAGUAAUUAAGGACCAGUAACCAUCCCUUCACUUAUAGGACUUAUAGGAAUGUGGAAGAUUAAGGAUGGACAUCCACUAAGUUAAUUAUUCAUAACACUCCCCCUUGGAUGUCUAUCAUGAUAUGCAUCGUUAAAACCUCACUAAACAAAACCCCGUUGAAAAAAAAUUCUAGCAAAAGUUCUUAAAUUCACUUGAUAGUGAAAUAUGAAACUCCCUGAAGGAUUUCAUAUGAAAGAUGUGUUACAAUUUAUAUAUAUGGCUCACUUGAUAGUGAAAUAUGAAACUCCCUAUAAGAUUUCAUAUUUCACUAUGAAAAAGUUCUUGAAUUCACUUCUGGUGAAUAUAUCUGUAAAGAAUAUAUGUCUUUUAAAAAUAAAUGGUAGACAUUUACCCAUUCCUUCUUUGAACUUUCAAGAUAUCAUUGGUAUAUUAUUACCUAAAGUAAUAUUAAAAACACUCUCUUUUGAACACUCUCUAAUACUUAGAUUUAAAUCAUUGUGGGUGGGACAUCCCAACAAAGUGGUGGGAUAUCCCGUCAUCCAUCUCAACCAUCCCUCAUACCAUGCAGUCAUGGGCAUCCAGUCAUCCACUUAUACAAAAUGGUGGGACAUCCAGUCAUCCACAAACACACCACUCGUUUAGAGAUGAUACCGGUUCUUAUAGCCCUCACUCCUCACUCUUGGUACUUGAAUUGUAGACAUGUCUUCAGCAACAAUAAUAACUACAUUACUUUAUUUCCUUCUCUUCACUUUCACAUGCUUUUUAUUCAAACACUUCUUACAUCCAAAACAAAAAAACAUAAACCAUAAAAAGCCACCAGGUCCACCAACACUACCAAUAAUUGGAAACCUUCACCUAUUAGGUAAACUUCCACAUAGAACACUUCAAUCACUCUCCAAAAAAUAUGGUCCAAUCAUGUCCUUACAACUUGGUCAAGUUCCAACAAUUAUAAUUUCUUCUUCAAAAGCUGCAGAAUCAUUCCUCAAAACUCACGACAUCAAAUUUGCAAGCCGGCCAAAGAUUCAAGGAACUGAACUCAUAACAUAUUGAUGUGAUCCUAAAAAUUAUCUCUCUUGACAAGAAUAAUAAAGUCAUUGUGGAAUAAAAGAACCAAAUUAAUUUUGGGUUCAAAGUUUUAUUUUCGUAGGUCAUGAUAUGUCUGUCUUGUUUUGGCUAUAUCUGGAGCUCUGGAUGUCCGUUUGAGGUGAUCUUUAACUCGUUGGAAAGCUUACGAAAUUCUCUACAUUUCAUCUAUUUGAUUCAAGAUCAAAUUCGGAAUAUUUAAUGGUGUAAAAUGAGUUGUAAGUUGAAAACGUGGUUAAAGUGUGUAAGCUGAAGAAUUAAAGGUGUUUGUGGAAUUGUAACGUCUAGAAAUAAUUAGCCUUCACAAAUCAAUGUGCAAAUGAAUAUGUAACCUCCUCAUGCAUUGAUUAGCCACCAGCUUAGAGAGUCAUUUUGUAACAUUUUAUUUGCAUUAAUCAGCCACCAAAACAUUAUUGUAAUUAGUGGUUGCAUUUCCUUUCAUUUUCUAAGAGUUUUAGAGUCAAAAUCAUCAUGUAAUAAGCUCAUAUAAAUAGAGCACGAAAAUGAUAUGAAAAAGAAGUUGAAUAUUAUAGAAUUUUACACAUAUGUGUAUUGAGAGCUUUGUCUCUUGUGGUUCUGGAUUGAACCAACCUUGAUCUUAUCAAGAAAUCAUAUUUCUUGUGGCGAUCCUCGCAUCCAUAGACUUAUCACUUUCUUGGAUUAGAAAGUGUGGCGUCCCUGUCUAUCCAUUACAUUUCUUCAUUUUUUAGUCUUUUCAUCAUUUCCACCAACAAUAUUCAUAAUUCACUUCCGACGGCUCCGUGACAUUCAUCAUUUGGUAAUCAGAGCUUAGGUUCAAAUCAGGUGUUUUCUAUCCUUUUAAUUUAUUUGAUUUUUGUUGUUCUACAUCAAAGUUUGAAAAAAAAAAAUGUCUCAAGAAAUCCAAGCUUCAAUAGAAUAUUUUGAUAAAGUAUGGAGAGAGAAAAUGCUUGAGGAUAUCAAGAGGAGAUCAAGUCAUUCUUCUCCUCUUAAAGAGUUACAAAGAAAUAGGAGAGAGAAAAUGAUGGCAAUAAUUGAUAGAGGAAUGGCUGAUAUCUCUAAAAUACUAGAGGAAAAUCUCUUUCAAAUCCAAAAUCAUUAUAUAGAGCCUAAAAUAGAUAUUGAAGAAAAAGAGAGUCUCAUUGUAAAGGAAACUCACGAAGAAGAAUGUGAAAAGGAAAGAGAAGAGACAAAAGAAAGUGACGAAAAACAAGUAGAGGAAAAAGGAGAAGAAAAGGAGAAUGAGAAGGAAAAGGAAGAGAAAAAUGUUAGGAAGUUUUGGCCUACUAUUACAUUAGUACCUUCUUCUAAGUUGGUUUGUGUUUUUAAAUGUUGGGAUUCUUCUUCUAAUAUUAUUCAAUUGCCUAACAUUUCUUUAUGUCAUGAAGGAAACAAAGAGAAUGAAGAAACUUUUUCUCAACAAGUGGAAGAAAAUUAUGAGAUUUGGAACGAUGAUCAUGUCCAUAAAUCAAAAGUGGAUGAAAAGAAAACUAAUUCUUCCAAUAAAAGUGAAGAGCUCUCUAAAGUUAAAGUUACAUGUGAUGGAUUCCAUAGAUUUAUUUUUGACCCAGGAGGUAUUCAAGCUAUAAAUUCGAGGUCGAAUUCUCUUGAAGAGGGAGAGUAUGAUGUGAUCCUAAAAAUUAUCUCUCUUGACAAGAAUAAUAAAGUCAUUGUGGAAUAAAAGAACCAAAUUAAUUUUGGGUUCAAAGUUUUAUUUUCGUAGGUCAUGAUAUGUCUGUCUUGUUUUGGCUAUAUCUGGAGCUCUGGAUGUCCGUUUGAGGUGAUCUUUAACUCGUUGGAAAGCUUACGAAAUUCUCUACAUUUCAUCUAUUUGAUUCAAGAUCAAAUUCGGAAUAUUUAAUGGUGUAAAAUGAGUUGUAAGUUGAAAACGUGGUUAAAGUGUGUAAGCUGAAGAAUUAAAGGUGUUUGUGGAAUUGUAACGUCUAGAAAUAAUUAGCCUUCACAAAUCAAUGUGCAAAUGAAUAUGUAACCUCCUCAUGCAUUGAUUAGCCACCAGCUUAGAGAGUCAUUUUGUAACAUUUUAUUUGCAUUAAUCAGCCACCAAAACAUUAUUGUAAUUAGUGGUUGCAUUUCCUUUCAUUUUCUAAGAGUUUUAGAGUCAAAAUCAUCAUGUAAUAAGCUCAUAUAAAUAGAGCACGAAAAUGAUAUGAAAAAGAAGUUGAAUAUUAUAGAAUUUUACACAUAUGUGUAUUGAGAGCUUUGUCUCUUGUGGUUCUGGAUUGAACCAACCUUGAUCUUAUCAAGAAAUCAUAUUUCUUGUGGUGAUCCUCGCAUCCAUAGACUUAUCACUUUCUUGGAUUAGAAAGUGUGGCGUCCCUGUCUAUCCAUUACAUUUCUUCAUUUUUUAGUCUUUUCAUCAUUUCCACCAACAAUAUUCAUAAUUCACUUCCGACGGCUCCGUGACAUUCAUCACAUAUGGUUCCAAAGGGUUGGCUUUUUCUAAGUAUGGUCCUUAUUGGCGUAGUGUGAGGAAACUUUGCACUUUAAAACUUCUUAGUGCUUCAAAAGUUGAGAUGUUUGGUUCUAUUAGGAAGGAAAAGUUGGAUGUUUUGAUUAAGUCAUUGGAGAAAGCUGCUUUGGUGAGUGAGGUUGUGAAUGUUAGUGAGGUUGUAGAGAAUCUUAUUGAGGAUAUUGUGUAUAAGAUGAUAUUGGGUCGGAGCAAGUAUGAUCAAUUUGACUUAAAGAGGGUGGUUCAAGACGUAUUGGCUUUGGUUGGAGCUUUUAAUCUGGCUGAUUAUGUUCCUUGGCUAGGUGUAUUUGAUCUUCAGGUAAUUUUUUCAAGUAUAAAAUCAAAAAUAAAGGAUUAAAUAUCGAAUGUGCAAUUUUAGUCAUGAUCUUUUUAAUUGUACGACUUUGUUCUGUAAAUAUUGUUGUGAGAUAUUAGUCUCCACUUUUAAUCCUAAGCAUCAUCAAACAUCAUGGUUGUUUGUAAUUGAAAAGAGAAUGGUAAAUUGCAUGACACUAGCCAUCAUGAAUAAUUAUGAUGUACGAAUCAAGGGUACUUCUGGUUGGUGUUAGAGGGAGAGGGGGUCUUUAGAGGCCAUGGUCUGGUCCCUCCUAUAUUUUUAAUAAUUUUUUUAUUUAUAUACUAUAAUUAAACUAUAUUAUAAUAUUUCAUAAAAUAUAUUAGGCUAUAGUCCCCUCAAUUGAUUUAAUUAAAACGUUCACCAUAUUAUUAGAUUUAUUGACAACUAGUAUUAUUAGUUUGAUAUGUUAUAUUUUAUUUUAAAUUAUCUCACAUUGUCCUUUCCUCAACAUAUUUUAAAUGGAAUAAAACACAAUGAUAUAGCGUUGCAAAAUAAAAGGUGAUUACAAUUAUUACCUUUUUUGAUAGUAAAUGGAUGGAUAAAUAAAUGUUAAAGACGAGUUAAUGUUAUGCUUAUAUGCAUUUGUAUAUAUUUUGACUAUAAAUUUAGAUCUUUACGAAUAAUAUUAAUAUUUUAUUUAAUUAUAAUAAAUAAAUUAAUAUAUGUGUAGUGGUGUCAAUGUCCUAAGUUAUUUACAUUAAUAGUGUUGACGUGUCAGGUGUUCGAGUCAAAGUCCAUGCUUCAUAGAUUAAGUGGUUUGAGUUAUGUAGGUUUUGAUUUUGUAACAUCAAGAAACUUGAUUUAAAUUUGACUAAGAGUUGUAAAAUGAAUAUUAGUGUCACCGUUAUUGAUAAUAAUUUUUUUAAAUGAUAAAUAACAUUUAAAUCAAAAAUAAAAAUCAUAUUUUAAUUUUGUGUGUUUUCAAUUUUUGUAUGCUCAUAUGGUUCUGUUAAAUUAGGUGAAAAUAUUAAAUUAGCAAUUGACAUUAUUAAUUUAACACUUUGUAUAGGGAUUAACACGAGCAUGCAAGGAAACGGGUAAAGCAAUUGAUGAGGUGUUGGAAGUUAUUUUAACAGAGCAUGAACAAACCACUAAUGUAGACAAAAAUCGCCAUGAAGACUUUGUUGACAUACUUCUUACAUUUAUGCACCAAACCAUUGAUCUAGAAAAUGAAGAAAAUCAUUUCAUUGAUCGAACUAACAUCAAGGCAAUUUUACUAGACUUGACUGUGGCAGCAAUUGAUACAUCUGCUACCGUGAUUGAAUGGGCUUUAUCCGAACUUCUAAGACAUCCAAGGGUAAUGAAAAUCCUUCAAGAUGAGAUACAAAAUGAAGUAGGAAAUGAAAGAAUGAUUGAAGAGAAAGAUUUAGAGAACUUAAGUUACUUAGAGAUGGUGGUUCAUGAAACUUUAAGACUUUACCCUGUUGCACCCUUAUUACUCCCUCGUGAAUGUAGAGAGAGUGUAACAAUUGAUGGAUAUUUUAUAAAGGAAAAGACUCGAGUUAUAGUAAAUGCAUGGGCUAUAGGGAGAGAUUCAAAUGUUUGGUCAGAAAAUGCCGAAGAAUUUUACCCAGAGAGAUUCAUUGGCAAGAAAAUGAAUUAUCAAGGACAAGAGUUUGAAUCUCUACCAUUUGGUUCUGGCCGCAGACGUUGUCCUGGAAUUCAAUCGGGUUUAGUGACCGUUAAGUUGGUUAUUGCCCAAUUGGUGCAUUGUUUUGAUUGGGAACUUCCAUAUAAUAUCAGUCCUUCCAAUUUGAAUAUGGAGGAGAAAUUUGGACUCACUAUACCAAGAGCUCAACACUUGCAUGUAAUACCGACUUAUCGUUUGGCAUGUGAUGACAGGGUUGAAUAGGUUCAAGAAGGACAAUAUUAUGCUUGUAUGCAAUAAGUUUAUUACUAUAUUAAAGGACAAUCUUAAAACCCUCUUUUAUUCUACUAACCCUCUCUCAUCAUGUUUUUUGUAACUUGGUUUCGAAUCCGUACGCGGGUUCGCUGGAUUGCGCUCAUGGUGAGAGUUAGUUUGUUAGGAUUGAUUAGGGUAGUUUCAUUUUUCUGUUUUACACGAUGUAUUUCCGUUUGGGUUAUUUCUGGGUCAGGUGCAAUGUCCCCCCAGCUCUUUACCUUUUGUUCUUUUAUGUUAUUUUAUUUCUAUUUUUGCUAUAAAAAAAAAAAAAAAAGUAUAGUAGGUCUAAUGGUAUUUUUCGAUGAUUCUAGGGUGAAGAGAACUAGACUUGCUUUUCUACAUUUGAGCACAUACUUUAAAUAAUUUGAAGGAGCAUUUAUACUUUAAAAUAGACUACAUAAACAAAAUGGAUGAUUUUCAUACUAUUUGUUAAAAUUAAAAAUUAUUUUUCAAAACUAGAUAUCAUAAACUUUCCAGUAAAUGGUCAGUUGCUUAAUUCUGACACCGUUUUCUAUAUUAAUAUAAUCGAUGAAGUUUAUGAUAAAAUGCAGAAAAAUGUGAGAAAAUGAUCAAUAAUUAAAGUAUGCAUACCAUAUUAUUUAUAUUUUCAUACAGGUUGCAAAAUGAUUUCUGUUAUCAAAAUAUGUUUUGAGCUAUGAGUUCCUUAGAAGACUAGACAAAAUAAGGAACCAAGUUGUGAGCCUCCCAUUUAUGGGGAGGACAAGUUCCAUGUCCCAGCAUACUAACUUAUUUAACUUAAUGUUUUAAUUUACUUUAAGAAGAUAUUUAAUUGCAUUUGCACCCAAAACCAAUGUCUUAGUGUUCAAGAGUUUUAGAGUUUGAAAUUCAUAGCACUAUUUAGAUGAUGCGAUGUGAAGGUACGAACUUAAUAAAUAAAGACAGUGAAAUGUUUGUUGUAAUUUAAACCUUCAACAGGUAAGGGGACCUACUCACAUGCUAAGAAUAAUAGAUAUGUUUGGUUAUAUAUACCGUUGGUGUACACAUCUGAUGCGGUGUAUUCUAUGAUUCUUGUAUACACAGGUCAUUAGUUUAUUACUAUAAAUAUAAUAAUUUUUUGUUUUAAUUUCUCUAAAUUUGUUUUUUGAUUGUUAGUUAUGAAAAAUAUUUUAAUCACCAUUUUUUUUUUAAAGAAAUAUGAUUAUAACAUUUCAUUAAUAAUAAAAGAUUCAAUACAAUCAGGUAUGUUAAAAUAAACAAUGAGACUAGUUAGAAACGUGACUUCUCUUACAAGCACAUGAGCAACCAUAUUUGUUUGUCGCCUAGCAAACUCCAUAGAGUUGGUAAAAGAAGAGCUGAAUAGAGAUCGACAAGAAGAAAUAAUGCAUGCAAAUCCAGAAAUGUCGUCUCGAGUAAUCUUGGAAUCAGUUUCAAAAUCAACAUUAUUUAUCAAAUUGCAUAUCACUCAACCAGUGCAUAGCACUAUGUAACAUGAAUGCUUCACCAACAUCAACCGAGUAAAUACAUGGAAAACUGGCAACUUUUGCCAAGACAAACGCACCUUCAAAAUCCCGAACACAAAUGUCAAUUCUAGUUUGGUUAAGAUUAGAUGAGAACGCAACAUUGAUGUUACACUUAUACCUACCUGACAAAGGACGUUCCCAGCAAUUGGAACCCGCGGGUCCUGUACUGCUAAUUGUAUCCAAAGUUGCGGCCGAAUGCUCCCCACCAUGAGGUUGUUGCGCUUGCUGCUGAGUUGUGGGAGCAGCUAUGCUAGAGGCAUUUGCAAGAUGCCAAUCGUUGACAAGUUCUUUGCACGCUCAACAAUCGUGGCACUUACCUAUAUGACAUCAUCCCAAACUUUUAGAUUACCAUGCUUCCAAAGGCUCCAUAAUGUUGCUGCCAACCGUUGGUUUUGUUCGGAAUAUAAUGUAUCCAAUAACAAAAUGAUAGUUUCAGUUGUUAAAGUAGUAAAUUGAAUAGCAUGUUGAAUAGCUCCCCAAAUAUUUGUCAUAUGCCAUACCUGGACAUGAUCAAAAGAACAAUAAAAAUAAUUAAGUGAGCAAGAUCCUCAUGGUUUGAGUUACAACUAACACAAUGUGUAGGACAUUGGAUUCCUUUAUCAAGGAGACGAACACGAGUCGGUAAGUAGCCCCGGCACAUACGCCGCACUAAAUUUUUAACUUUAGGAGGAACCUUAACCUGCAAAAUUCCUGACCAAGAACCUGGACAACGAGAAUGAGAAGAAACAACGGGCUCGUCCAAACAAAGCGGAUAAUCACUACACACAGAAUAACGACUAUUCUUUUCCGCUUUCCAGAUUAAACGAUCAUCUUGGAACUAGGCAAUAAGUGGCGUGUUAAAAAUCUUAUCAGCUAUAUCAACACUAAGAACCUAGCGAACUACCUCUUCAUUCCAGCUCUAGUCGUAUAGAUUAAUCAAAUUAUUAAUGGUAACAUUCUAACCAAAACGAGCUCCUAUAAUACUUCCAUCAAUACACUCUCCGUCAGAUAACCAAGGGUCAUUCAAAAUAGAAAUAGAAGAGCCGAAAUCAAUACUCCACCAAGCACCUCCACAAACGAUAAAUCGGGUGCGCAGAAUGUUGUGCCACACAUAGCUAGGAUUGUGGCCAAGUUGUGCCAUGAGAUAGGUAUGGAAGGGAAAAUAUUGUGCUUUAAAAAUACAAGCGACAUGAGAGUCAGGUUCCAUAAGAAAUUCCUAACCUUGUUUACCCAACAUAGCCAAGUUGAAAGCGGGGAGGUCCUUAAAACCCAUUCCCCUAUGAACCUUGUGUACUAACAACUUCUCCCAACUCAUACAGCUAAUAUUGCGUUGUGUAGUUCUACCAUGACGCCACCAGAAGGAAUUCAUCAUCUCUUCGAUACUGUUAAUUAACGUAAUUGGUGAUAAAAAAAUGCUCAUAACAUAAAAAGGAAUGACCUGCAAGACAAAUUUAAUCAUAACCUCACGCCCUGCCUUAAUUAGUUAAGCAUUUACUACUCUAGGAAUUAAUUUUCUGCCAAACUCGAUCUUUGAUAUAAGCAAAAGUUGCAUUUCGAUCCCUAUACCAAUCAUAGAUGGUAAACCAAAUAUUUGCCGAUUCCCAAUAUCGCCUGAACCCGAAGAAUGUUAGUAAGAGUCAGUUUGAGAAGGUCAGGAACAUUUCGACUACAAUAAGUUUCAGACUUAGGCAAACUAAUGGCAUGGCCUGAAGUUAAUUCACGUUUAAUCACCAAUUUUAGUCCUUACUUUUAAGUCAAUUCAUAUGUAUCAUUCAUGUUUUUUAAUGAAAAUUACCAAGAAUGUUUACAAUAUUAUAAGAAUCUCUUCAAAAAAAACAAUAAUUUAGAAAGAAAAAAAAAAGAAUUAUAUAUGUAUUUGUAUGUACCAAAAACAUAAAAAAUAAAAUCAUGUUUGUUAAAAAAUUCUAAAUUUGUUUGGAAGAUAUUCUUAUAAUUGUUGAUAUAAAAUCUAAAUCCCCAUUUUUAGUUUUAAAGAUAACAAACUAAUUAAAUUAAACUUUAUUAAUUCUGAUUUUAAUUGUUAUAUAACUUGUGCUCUUGAGUAUCUUUUUUAAGUUAAAGGUAUAAAAGCAUUGUACAAUUAUCAAGGAAAGCAACAAGUUAUGAUGGAGAGAUUGAUCUCAAGCAUUGGUUUCAAAUAUGGAUUUAAUGUUCAAAUAAGGCCAAGCACGUACAGGGAAAUGGAAUGUUACAUUUGAGGAAGCAAUAAAUAUUUCAAGCAUAAACUAUAUCAUGACAAGGAAAUAUUAUUUGAAGCUUACUACAAAUGAACAUAUGAACAAAAAGAACAUAUUUAAUGUCAUGUGCAAAAAUAGUUGGCAUGAGAAUGACCACUAUAUUUUCGACAACACAUCAAGAGUGUAAGACAAAUACAAAACUAUGAACCUUUGGAUAUUCACUUUAUGGUCACCUCACAACAUGACAAGAAAGCUGCCUAGUACAAGAAAAGCCUUUUCUUUGGGCUCAAGUCUUAUGGUACAGCAACAAGUGAAAAGGAAAUGAGCUGUACAAAGCUCAUGUCUCACGUAGCAAGCAACAAAGUACAAAGGAAAGCUUCAGCAGAUUUAGAGAUCGAUCUCAACUUUGAAAGGAACAGUUCCAUCUCAAAGGCUCCCUUGAAUCUUGUGCUGCAAGAAAGGAAGAAUUUAACAAGGGUUUUUCUCCUAUAAAUAGAAGACUCCAGCAAGUGAGAAAAACAACUUUUGAGCAAAAGAAAAAAGACAACAUUCUUUAAGAAUUUCUUUGUUUACAAAUCACUCAAGAAUCAUAUCUUUGUUUUGAGCAAGCAGCUCUUUUGUGUAUUAAAUCUUUGAAGAAGUUUAAUACUUUCAAAUACUAUUGUAAAAGAAUCUGCAAGUGUGCAGAAAGGUUGUAAAAAUUCUUGCUCGUAACGGCAAGUGACUUGACCAAGUGAAGGUUGAAAGAAAGUGUUGUAUAGAUCAGAAAGAUCUAAAAAGAAAGAAGGAAUUGAGAUUAAGUCAUAACUCAAUUACCUAGUGGAAAAUCUCACAAGUAUUGUGGGGACUGGACUAACCCACGUUGGGUGAACCAGGAUAACUCUUUUUGUGUGAUCCUUCUUCCUUAUCUAUUUUUAUUUGCACUAAUCACACACCUUCACUAUAUCUAUUUAAAAUUCCAUUUAAAUCACUAACGUUUUUUUGUUGAGAAUUUUUAAUAGGUAAUUUUUAUUACAUCACAAUUCAAACCCCCUUUCUUGUGAUAAUUAUUUAUCUUCAAUAAUACUUUAUGAAUUUCUGAAAAUUUAAUUAAAAAAUAUGAAGACUACACAAGAGUUCACUUAAAAGUAGAGAUCAGAAGUAUUGAUGAAAAUUUUAAGAAGACUAAAUAUUGAAGAAAUUUUUAGAGGAACUAAAACUAAAAAUUAAUAUAUUUAUAAGGACUAAAAACAUAUUUAACCAUAUCUUUUAUUCUCUAUUCAAAAUAUACCGUAUUAGAUUGCUUUCUUUAAAGAUUAUCGAUAUAAAACAUAAUUAAAAAUUAAUAAUUAAAUAUAAGUGGUUUCAUAGCCAGUAGUAAUAUAUUCAUUUUGAUGUCUUAAAAAAAAUAUUAAUAAUUAAAUAUAAAUAUAAAGAGAAAAGCAUUUCUUUAUGAUGGGAAAGAAAAAAAAAUGUAUCAUGUGUCAAAACUCAACUCAUUUUAUUUUUCAACAAUAUUCUUCUCAUAUAAUUGUAAUGUUUAUACAUUUUAUUUUACCAUCAAUAUUCUUUUUUUACCGCCAUGAGAAUUACACCGACCAAGGAAACAUGUGGUCCCCGCCCAUAUCGCCAAAAUAACGUUGUCCAUUCUUUUUUUAAUGAAAUACAUGUAGAUUUGACUUUGUAUGGAGAGGUGGAGUUGUGGGACGCCUCAUCUAUGUUAGCUUGCUCACUACUCUCCACCUCAUCCACAUUCAGUCAGUCACCCACUACCUCAUAUGAUCAACUCUAUAAAUAUGGGGAUUUCCGGCCUCCAUAAUUCAUUCACUCCUUCUUACCAAAAAAACACUAAUAACCUAAGAGCUCCUCACUGUCAUCACCAUGGCCAGGAGGGUCUCUACUACUGUACACAGAACAAGUACAUUUUUAAUUUAUUUUUAGGCAAAUUCUAUGGUACACCUAAUAUAUUUGAGUGUAUCAGUACACUCACUCUUUAAAUUAAUGGUUAAAUGAGUUGUAUUUUGAAGAAAAAUAUUAUUUUCUAUCAUUUAUAUUUAUAAUAACUAAAUCUUAUUCGUCAGAAGUGUUAACGAAAUAAAAUUAAUUUUUUUUUUGAAUUUUUAGCACUCAUAAUUGAGAAUAUUGAUUAUAUUUUACGAUUAUAUGUAAAAAAAAUUAUUAUGAUUCCUAUAAACAAUGAACUGAUGUUUUUUCUUAUGAAAUAUAAAUAUUGAUAAAUAGUUAUUUAUUUCAUAAAAAACGAUCGUUAAUUUAUAAAAUUAUGAAGAAAGAGUACCGGUACACCUCAUUUUAUGAGUGUACCGUAAAAGUUCCCUUAUUUUUAUUGGAAAAAGGAAAUUAUUAAUAAUGGUGACAUCAAUGAACAUAUUACAAUUGUCCCACGUUGGGUUUGGACCAAUAUUUCAUUUGUGAUUACAGUAAAUCUCUUUCCACAGAUGUUGGACAUAAUAUCAAAUGUAAUAAUCAAACAUAUACUCUCUCCGUCCCAAAAUAUAAGCAAAAAUAGUUUAAACCAAAUACAUUAACUUUUGUUGUCUAAUUUUUGUUUACAUUUUGGGACGGGAAGAAAUACUCGUUUAUAAUUAGAAUAUUUUAUUUUAUAUAAAAAAAUGAUCAUUCAAAUUGAUUGUGUACAUCCGAUACAAACAUAAAUUCAGCAUUUCUAAAAAUGAAAAUAAAUUUAAGAAUAAACUCACAUCAUCCAAAUUAAUACCAUAAAACAACAACAAAAAUUAUAAAUAAUGUGACAAAAUUAAAGGAAUUGGAAUAUUCAUGUAUUCAAAUCUGCAAUUGACGACUUAAUCAUUUGUUGAAUCAGAAAUUGUUUGAAGUUGAUAUGUUUAUCUAAGUCAAAUGAACACUACACCCAGAUGAAAAUUCAAACAAACACUACAUCAAAACGAGAAAUCAAACAACGUCGCACUGAGAUGACGAAAUCAUAAAAGAAACUUAGGAAAAAUAUGUACUUUAUAGAAAUAUCUUCAAGUUCGCGCAUUGUACAUCUUUGUUUUUUUCCUUCAAAUCUGUUAGAAUAUUCCUAGGCGCCGCCAAACUCUUUGUCAUGUCGAUAACCUUUUCUUCUCCUCCGCUUUUAGUCUACCUGCAAGAAGGUGGCCGUCUAACUUUGGCGCCAACUCAUGGUUGUGCAUUCCACAAAGCAUUGCAAUCCACCAAUCUUUUGUAUCCUUAUCAAAGAAACCUUGCAACCUAAGCGAACAUUCCCAUUUCCUUGAGCCCGUGUCUUCAAGGUUUGGUUUCUUCCUCGUCUUAGGUGGCUUGUAUUCACCACUGCUUUCACAUUGUGUCGUCAAAUAUGACCUUUUUAAACUAGAUUUAUCUAUAAAAAUAGUAAAUCCGGCCCUUGCCACUUGUGGCCAACCUAACCAAGUAAAUCUUCUCGGUCUUUCCAUCUUUUAUUUGUUGUAAAAAACGAGUCGGUGUCUACUUCAAUACCACGAUCAUUGGUAGCCAUUUGUCAUGGUCUGACCUCUAUAAUAUAUUGUCUACAACAAUCACUAUAUACAUGUAAUUUUUUUUUUUUUAAAUUCAUUAAAUAAUUAUUAUAUCUAAUUUAUUUAUAAAUGAGAUACAUUAAUUAUUCAAUAAAACUAAAAAAUUAUUUUUUACUUGUAUAUUUAACCGACUAAGAAUGGAAGGUGGAUCCAGUUUUUGAGGGAUGAAUCCAUUCAUCUGCAGUGUCUACCUUUACUUCUUCAAUUUAAUUUCUUUGUAUAGUUAGUCUUAAAAAAGUUAUGUAGCGAAAUAGUUCAAUCUAUUUGAAUUAAUGGUUUAAAGGAAUUAAGGAGUUAAAAAUCUUGGUUCAAGUCUUAUAAGAAAAUAAAUUAACAUAGGCUUAAAUGCUCUUUUGGUCCCUUAACUAUUUAAUUGGUAUCGCUUUGGUCCAUUAACUAAAAAAAAGAUUGUUUGAGGAUUUUAAAUUUUUUUUAAGUCUCGUUUUGGUCCCUUCGGUUAGGUUUCCGUUAGUUUUAAUAAAAAACGUUAAGUGUGGACACAUGUCACCUUGUCAUUGGUUCUGAGAUUUUUUUUUUACAAAAAAAAUAAUAAUUUUUUUUGUAAAAAAAAAAAAAAAAACUCAGAGCCAAUGACAAGGUGACACUUGUCCAAGAGUUAACUUUUUUUAAAACCCUAACGGAAACCUAACAGAAGGGACCAAAACGAGACUAAAAAAAAACUUAAAGUCCUCAAACAAUCUUUUUUUUAGUUAAGGGACCAAAGCGAUACCAAUUAAAUAGUUAAGGGACCAAAAGAGCAUUUAAGCCAAUUAACAUAUUUGAUAUUUGUCAUUUUCUUUGAAGGAUUGAUAUUUGUCAUUUAAAAAUACUUUCUAUUAAGGAGAAAAAUACUUCAAUUAACAUAAUCAUAUUUUAUCAUAUCUUCUUGAGCUUAGCUCAGUUGAUAGAAACAAUGUAUAAUAUAUGCAAGGUUUGAGUCAAACCUCGACCACCACAAAAAAUAAAUCAUAUUUUACCAUCACGUCAUUUUAUUAUAUUAGUUUACUGUAAAUAUAUUUUAAAAGAAUUCAUGAAAAUCCCCUAAAAAAAGAAUUCAUAAAUCUUCUCCUACAUAAUAUAAUAUAUAUAUUGUAAAACAUGAUUCAACUUAUAUGUAAGUUUUUGUUAACGGAAAGCGAUACCAAUUAAACAAAUCAAAAUUAUUUGUUUCCACCUUUAUUUAACUAAUAAUUAUUCUAUCACUUGCACGGCUGCACCAUCUUCAAAUCCUCAAUCAAGCAACACUAAUAAUUCUUUAUAGUUCUCAUCCUUAGAACUUAGAUCCAAAGAAUUCACUGUAAACAUGUUUUCAACAACAAUAAUAAUUCCUUUCAUUCUCUUCACUUUCACAUACCUUUUAUUCAAAUUCUACUUACGUGAAAAACAAAACACCAUAAAUCAUAAAAAACCACCAGGUCCACCAACACUACCAAUAAUAGGAAACCUUCACAUGUUAGGUAAACUUCCACAUAGAACACUUCAAUCACUGUCCAAAAAAUAUGGUUCAAUCAUGUCCUUACAACUUGGUCAAGUUCCAACAAUUGUUAUUUCAUCUUCAAAAGCUGCAGAAUCAUUCCUCAAAACUCAUGACAUCAAUUUUGCAAGUCGGCCAAAGACUCAAGCAUCUCAGCUCAUUUUUUAUGGUUCCAAAGGGUUGGCUUUUUCUGAGUAUGGUCCUUAUUGGCGUAGUGUAAAGAAACUUUGCACUUUGAAACUUCUUAGUGCUUCAAAAGUUGAGAUGUUUGGUCCUAUUAGGAAGAAGGAGUUGGAUGUUUUGGUUAAGUCAUUAGAGAAAGUUGUUUUGGUAGGUGAGGUUGUGAAUGUUAGUGAGAUUGUAGAGAAUCUUAUUGAAGAUAUUGUGUAUAAGAUGAUAUUGGGUAGGGGUAAGUAUGAGCAAUUUGAUUUAAAGAAGUUGGUUCAAGAAGGAAUGGCUAUGCUUGGAGCUUUUAAUCUGGCUGAUUAUGUUUCUUGGUUAGGUCCUUUUGAUCUUCAGGUAUGUGUGUAAAAGUUGAAGAAAUUAGUUACCUAUUGACUUGAUUUUAUUUUAAGUCUCUUAAGUAUCGUAGCUGUACAUUUUUCAUUGGUCACUUUAUUAUAUUGCACAGUUUUGGGUCCUUCAUGUUUUUUCCUCUUAUGUAUUAAUUGAGGGGUCCUUCAAUAUUUUAGUAUUACAAGGGAGAAAAUAGGGAAGAAAAAAAAAGAGGAUCAUGUAAUUGAACAACACAAUAACACUAGGACACAAUAACACUAGGGUUACCGUCUUUUUUUUCUUCUUUCAAAUAUAUACGUAUGUGAAGAAACUAGACAUUGCAAGUUUAAAUUUAUGUUCUAAGGUGUUCCACAAAUCCUGCGUUAACUUGUAACCUCGUACAACUCGUACAAAUUUACGUUUUUAUGUGUCAAAAAUAUGUUAAGAGCAUGUUUGGCCCUGCUUAUUUGCCACUUAUCUUUUACUUCUAAAGAGAAGUGGGGCCAAACAUAAUUUUGAUAAAGCUCUUAAUAAUAGAAGUGACUUUUUUGUAAAGAAGGAAAUCCAACAAAAGUGACUUUGAAAAUAAGAUAAAAAAAUGAGCUUUGAGAGUGACUUUUCGGAGGUUAUACCUGCUUUUCCUCCUUCGAUUCCCGCAAGCCACUAUAUUUUUUAUUUUAUUAUUAUUUCUGGCAAAUCGGAGGUAAAUUUGAUUUUUGGUGAAAUUGAAUGUUUGACAAGUUUGACCAAGUUAACACAUGUUAAAUUCGGUAAAUUAGAUCGAGUUUAUGAGUUUACUUUUUUUUUUGGCAAACACUUUUUAUAUUUUUUAUUUUUUAUUUUUGGUCCCACUAUGUAAAUCUUAGAAAAUCAAUGUCAUGACGACCAUGUCCCUUAAUUAAUUCUAAAUUUGAGUAAAAAUAAUGGACUACAUAAAGUGACAGAAAAUGGAGGGAUUUGAGGAUUUGUGUGUUGACUUUCACUUUAGUCUCUAGAUCCAUGUUACACAUCCUUGUCGGCAUUUAACGGUCAAUUUUAACGUCAAGCACUAAACUAACCAACGGAGGUAAACAUCCGGGGACCAUUUUGCAUUUUAUCAUAAGUCAAGAUUAUUGUAACAGUGAGGUGCAAAGUCAGAGACUAAAAUGAUUAUUUCUUCAUUUUUUUAUUGUUCCAGUAAGGUAUGUAAAAAUAUCCAAUUAGUAAUUGUCAUUCUUAAUUUAACACUUUGCUAGGGAUUUACACGAACCUGCAAGAAAACCGGUAAAGCACUUGAUGAGGUAUUGGAGAUGAUAAUUACAGAGCAUGAACAAAGCACUAAUGUAGACAAAGUUCGUCAUGAAGAUUUCAUUGAUAUACUUCUCUCAAUUGUGCACCAAACGGUAGAUCCAGAAAAUGAACAAAGUGGUGUUAUUGACAGAACUAACAUCAAGGCAAUUUUACUAGACAUGAUUGUGGCAGGAAUUGAUACAGCCACUACCACGAUUGAGUGGGCUUUAUCUGAACUUUUCAGACAUCCAAGAGUGAUGAAAAAGCUUCAAGAUGAGAUACAAAAUGAAGUAGGAAAUAAAAGAAUGGUCGAAGAGAAUGAUUUGAAGAAGUUGAAUUACUUAGAUAUGGUGGUUGAUGAGACAUUAAGACUUUACCCUGUUGGACCCUUAUUACUUCCUCGUGAAUGUAGAGAAAGCAUAACAAUUGAUGGAUAUUUUAUAAAGGAAAAGACACGAGUUAUAGUAAAUGCAUGGGCUAUAGGGAGAGAUUCAAAUAUUUGGUUAGAAAACGCUGAUGAGUUUUAUCCAGAGAGAUUUAGUGAUAAGAAAAUGAAUUAUCAAGGACAGCAAUUUGAAUCUAUACCAUUUGGUUCAGGUCGUAGACGUUGUCCUGGGAUUCAAUUGGGUUUGGUUACGGUUAGAUUUGUUGUAGCUCAAUUGGUGCAUUGCUUUAAUUGGGAACUUCCACAUAAUAUUAGCCCUUCCAAUUUGAAUAUGGAAGAGAAAUUUGGAGUCACUAUACCAAGGGCUCAACAUUUGCACGCAAUACCGAGUUAUCGUUUGGAAUGUGAUGAGAAGCUUGAAUAGGUCCAUAAAGGACAUUAUUAUGCUUGUAUUCAACAAGUUUAUUACUAGUAAAGAUGUUAUAAGUUGGUCUAAUGGUGCUUGAAUAGAAUAAGUUAAUGAGUAUUGCUAGUUUUUAUUAUAUGUUAAUAGCCAACAUAUGAAUAAAUUAGGAGUGAAGAAAUUAGAGAAAUUAUCAGUUAAUUGCUUAUUGAAUAAGUGUUUAUCAUACAAGUGUUUAUGUAUAUGAUCAGUUAUUCCAAUAAUUAAAGUGAUAAUCCGGUCCACUAUUUUCAACUAACUUGUAACUGAUUUUCUUAAAUUUGUCAUAGAGUGCUAAUUCAACCUAUGACAUCAGGUUCACAAUGGUAUGAAGAAUUAGUUCACUGGUUUAUGCUUGCUUUGUAAUUGUUUUUAGAAAUUUGAAUUAAUAAUAGUCUCAAUUUUAAUUUCAUAAUAAUCAUGAGUAGAGAAUAAUGCCCAGUACCUUAUUGUAAUGAUACCAAAGUUUGGGUUUGGAAUCUCUCCGGUGGUCACACGAGAGUCCAGUGAAAUCUUGUCCAUUAAAAAUUAAUGUAUAUGAGAAUUUUAAAUGUUGAAAAUAAAAGAGAAGACAAUUAAUGGUGCAGAUUGUAUCACUGCAGAAAACUGGAGAGAUUUUCACAGGAGGAAAUCCAUUUCCCCAAAAUUUUAUUUGGAUUUGUUAGUUCAAGACAACUUUUAGGUUGUGAAAGUAUAAAUACAGAUUUUCAUGCAAUUAUAACAUAAGGGAUGCCUAAAAUUCUAGAAAUUAGAGGAACAAAUAAAUAAUUUGAUUAGAGGAAAUAUUGGAAGUAGUGUUUUCAUAGUACUGAAUAGUUUGAUUCACCAUAAAAAACUCCAUCAAUUUUAAAAAUUUAUCAUUAGCUGAGUUAAGGUUUGUAUCUCUGUUUCUUUGAUUAACUUCAUCUUAUUUGUCGUUCUACAAUCUCCAUAGUAACAUUCUAGUUUUGUUGUCAUGUGUGAUAUGUUGUGUUAAAAAAGCUUUAGAAUUUGAAGGUCUACCUCAUUUCUAGAAUUGAUAUUAGCAUGUUUGUGCAAGCGGUUGAUUUAUCAAUUCAGUGAUAAAAACCCACGUUUGAAGAGAAGCUACCUUUUGAAGCUUCUUUAAAUCACGUCUUUCCAGCACACUGGCGGCCGUACGUACGUCCGCUNNNNNNNNNNNNNNNNNNNNNNNNNNNNNNNNNNNNNNNNNNNNNNNNNNNNNNNNNNNNNNNNNNNNNNNNNNNNNNNNNNNNNNNNNNNNNNNNNNNNGGAGACAUCCCAGACACUUGGCAUGAUCAUGAUUGAACAGAGAAGCUUUGCACAGCUUGAUGUGUAGAGGUACCAGAGGAGUUGCGACGUUGCGGACAUCAAGUCUCGGAGCUUCUUCACACACUUCGAUCAUAUUCACAGCGGCAUGAUUUGGUAGCGGAUUGUCGAGGACAUGUGGGACAUUAUUCUCAAAAGUCAGCUUCCCUUGAUCGAUGAGCUUCUUCACGAUAUACUUCAAAGCAUAACACCCCUCGACGUCAUGACCCAAGGCACCUUGAUGAAAGUCACAUUUGAGAUCAGACCUGAACCUUGGAGGCAACGGAUCAGGUGGGGGCUUACCCUGUCUAGUUGUACAAUGACCUCUCUGGAGUAGAGUUGGAAGAAGUUCUGCAUACAACAUUGGUAUAGGAGGGAAGGUUGGCCUGGCUUGCUGAUUUUGUUGUUGUUGUUGAACCGGCAUCUGUUGUUUCAUCUGUUGGGCAAUUGCAUUGACGGGCACUUGAGGCUGGCCCGGCGGCAAAGGGUACUGAUGAUAAAACGGUGGGAAGAACGGAUGCUGAGAAUACGGCAUAUAUGGGUAUGACGGAGGCAUUUGAGCUGCAUUGAUAGGAGCAACAGUAGCCAUUGAUUGCCCGGCUCCAGCUGACACCAUCCCCACUUCCGUUUCUUUCUUUUUGUGGUGUCCAUUACCAUAUCUCUUCGACGCAUUCACAGAGGAUUCAGCUUUCUCAAACACGAUGAUUCCAUCCCUUACGGCUUCCUCAAGACGGGUUCCCAUGGUGACCAUCUCCGAAAAGUUGUUCGGGGCAGCGAUGAUCAUCCUCUCAACAUAAUCUUUCUUCAACGUUUUUAAGAACGUCUGGGUCAUUUCUUCCUCAUCUAAAGCAGGAGUGAUACGGGCAGCCGCCCCUCUCCACCUUUGCGCAUAUUCACGGAAACUUUCCUCCUUCUUCUGAGAUAGGGACCUGAGAAACUCCCUAUUUGGCCUCAGUCGAGUGUUAAACCCAUAAUGGCUCUUGAAAGCGGUGGCUAACUCAUCAAAGGUAUGGAUGUCAUUCUUACUCAAACUAGUAUACCACUCUGCGGCAUCCUCCAUCAGACUAUCCUGAAAACAGUGGAUCAUAAGGGAAUCAUUGUCUUUGUAAUUGCCCAUCUUCCGGACGUAUUUGAUGAUGUGAUUUUGAGGACAAGUUAGCCCGUUGUACCGGUCGAAGUCCGGAAUCUUGAACUUUUUAGGAACAUCCACUUUUGACACUAAGCAAAGGUCUUGAGUUUUGACAGAGUUUGCACUCCCUCGAUUGGCCUGGAUCUCGUGACGGAGUUCUUUAGCAAGUUCCUCCAUCAUCUCUUCCAUAGUCUUGGUUACGGGGAUGCUUCUGUGCUGUGUGUUGACGUUAAUACCUUGAGGCAGAGUGUGUACCAGAGGCUCAGUGACAGCUGCUGUUGUUUGUGGCAAAGUAGCAAUGAUGGAGGCGGCAUUUGUUGCAGGGAUCAGAACAUUGUUAGCAGUGCCCGAGGUGCUUGCUGUAGCAACGGGAGUGAAGAACGGUGGAAGCCCAUACGGAAACCCCACUGGCAUAGUAAAGCGGUUGUCUGCAGAAGUGGUAGGGAGCACGCUUGUAGUUACUGGUGCAGCUGUGGUUGUAGGGAUAGCUGUAGCUGAUUGCUCUUGAGCAGCUAGUAGAGCAGUCAUGACGUCAUUAGCUUUAGCCAAUUCCUCCUUUAGAGAGGCCAACUCGGUGCGAAGCUGAGCGUUCUCUUCUUCCAUAGCCCUUUUCUUUCUUCUGUAUUCUCUGGUUCGAUCAAUUCUAUCUGGUUCGUAAACUCUCUGAGCACGAGCCACUUUUCACACUGUGGCAGAGGAACCAGGAGAUAGUGAGCACUUGGAAGCCUUUGUGACCAAUGCAUGAUGCAUAUGAUGCAUGAUGUGCAAAUGCGAAUGCAAAAGACUUAUUUUUUUUCAUCGAAGGAAUUUUGAACCAAUUAGAAAUCUUUGCAAAUAAUCAAAACUACAUAGUAUUUUUUUUUAACAGGAAGACUUUGAAAUUUCAACAAGAUAAACACAUGGAGUCCUCAAGCAUAGGAAGUAGUCGGAGGAUCAUCGGACUCGGAAUCUGAAUCACAGUAUCUGGCAAAGAAGUCUCGUCGUCCUCGGGCUCUCUUGGAAUCCCUCAUAAGCAGCUCGUCUUUCUCUUCUAGUUCCCUCCGGGCCUUAGCUAGCUCUUUCUUCAACAUCAGAUUCUCAUGAGUCUUCUGCUCAUCUCUACCAUCCAAAGUCAUGAUUAGAUUCUCGGCUUGAUUGUACCGAGCCUUCCACACUUGCUUCUCACGACUCUCCAUAGCUAGAUGCUCCUGAUACAUAUCCUGAGUCGCGGGGAGCAAAGGUAGAGGCAUAGAUGGGGUAGAUGAAGACACAUAUCUCAUAGCUGGAUAAGGCAUACCAAUCUCCUCAGCUCGAUCUAUCACCCACUGGGUAUAGGCCUCAUGAGCGACACCGGAUCUCACACCUAGAUGCUUCACACUCUUCCUUCGAACCUUGGACCAAGCAUCCACGAAAGCUUUCCUUUGUCCGGUAGGAGCAUUCGUGUAGAAGAAGAACUCUGGAGAUGUGGCAAGAUUGAUGGGCUUCGACUUCAUAGGGAAACCAAACUGUCUCAUAGCAAGCUCGGGAUUGUAGUUGAUUCCUCCACGAGUACCAAGAAGAGGUACAUUGAGAAAGUCUCCACAACCCAUAAUGAUUUCCUUCACUUGAGCGGCAGGAGUGAGCCAGACGACCUCAUCAGGAGUGAGAGCCAUAAUCCGCUGAGAGUAGGACCAAUUUUCCGAGUUAUCAUGGAAGGAACUCGGAAGGUGCGAAAUAAACCACCUAUACAAAAGAGAUGUGCAGCAAAGAAUAUACCCACGGCCCUUGAGAGUCCUGUCAUGAAUGGCGUGGUAGGUGUCCGCUAGCAAAGUAGGAACCGGGUUCUUAGAAUGAAAGAUCUCGAUAGCAUUCAUGUCCACGAAGUUGUCAAGGUUCGGGAAGAGAAUGAGCCCGUAGAUAAGCAAAGCAAGAAUAGCCUCGAGUGUGUCCUGGCGAGUGGUACCGAGAUUAGCCUGAUCAAGAAGAUACUUCGAAGUGAAACCCCGGAUGUGAGACUUGGUAAUAAGAUGGUUGGAGACGUCGGAAGUCUUGAGGUAGAGAUCCUUAGCAACAACCAGAGGAGUAAGAGGAGUCCCGGGACCGGCGAAAGGCGUCUUCUCGGCUAUAGGUAACCCCACUAGAUUGGAGUAAGCCUCGAGAGUAGGAACCAACUGGAAGUCCGGGAAAGUGAAGCAGCGGAAGCUCGGAUCAUAAAAUUGCACCAGAGUGUGCAUUAGCUUCUCGUCCACAUCGGUUCGGAGCAAAGUAAGCAAUCCCCCAUACCGGAGUCGGAACCCUGUUUGACUCUUGACCUUGAGCGCCAACUCUCUCAAACUAACCAAAUCCACUUCCUUGAACUUGUAGCACUUAGUCUUCUUCAUACCUGUGAUUAUUUACAAAAAUUCUCAUUUGUUUAAACCCUUCGAUGAAUGCAUGAAAAAUAUUUAUGCAUGAAUGCAUGUAUGCAUGAUUGUGUUGUUUAGUUACAAUGUGGGUUGAGAUUCAAAGUAACAAGGCCACGGAUGGACACGGCGUCCGGUGAACUAAGGCUUUGGAUAGUAGUAACCAAGGUUCUAACACAGUUCCCAAACUGCAACCUCUCUCACAUAUAUCAUGGUAGUACAGGACGACACCCGUUCCACGAUUAUUUGUGAGAAGGUCUAGUUUGAGUGUAGUAUCGCGUGACGACUAAAGUUUUGAGACAACACUCAAUUUAGCCACCGCACUACGUCCUAAAAAGGCUAGGAUGGGUUUGGUAACUACGGUUCAUAGCUUCGUCGAACAAUUGAAAGUGAAGUGCCUAAGCAUGACGACACACGCCGACAAUAUCACCUUCAAAAUGCCUCAGCUAUGUGAGAUUGAUCGCAUAAUCCAAUACACGAGGCAACCCCCGGAUCGAAUUGUCGAUUAUAUCUCUACCUAAACAUAAGUUCACUCAGCCCGGGUAUAGGACUUUUGAUAUUCUCACCCCACACGUCAAAUGAAAGUAAACAAAUAUUCACAUAUGUAAGCAAUAAAAUAAAACAUAAAUAUAAACUAAGGAAAACUAGGCGCGACCCGCUUAAAAAAGUCCCCAGUGAAGUCGCCAUUUCUGUUAUCAUGGUUUUUGGGUACCAAGUCAUUAAUUGGACUUGUACCUUUCGACCGUUGAUAUCUCUCUUUUUUCUUGGGAAGGGAAAAAUUGAGAAAAAACCCUUAGAUUCUAAGUUCGGGGGUCGGUUUUACUACGGGAAGGUGUUAGGCACCCGGAGUAACUAUAGUCCUCUAUAGGAGCCGUUUUCCUAAGUCGAUUUUUACGCUUUAUUUUUACCUACUUUUGAAAAUGGGAGGUUUAUUUAGUUAAGAGUGGGGGUGAGAAGAAGUAGAAUUUUGAUUUUAUUUCGGCUUGGAUGAGUUUUGACUCAUUGCCUACGUACCCUUUUAAGGGAUCAAAACCGUUCGUAGUUCUUGCUAAAAAGACUUGUUUUUGUUUUAAUUGUUUGAUUUUAAGUUUUGAAAAUGGUUUUGAAGAAGGAGAUUGGGAGGCUUCAUGAGCAUUAGAUUUAGCAAAAAGUGAGGUUUGAUUAGUGAUUAAAAAAGAAAGUCUAAAUGAUUAAGAUGAAUUGAAUUUUUCUCAAGAAAAAAAAGAAAGGAAAAGAAAUGAAGUGUUGACUUCAUGUUUAUUAUGAAAAUUUUUGAAGUGAAGUUCAAUUGUUUUUUUUUUGGAAAAAAGAUGGAUUUUCUCUAGGUGUUUAAAACCUAAACGCUUAUUUAACCAUACAAUCCUAUGCAUACAUCUAAGGUGAGUGUGUGCGUGUCGGUGCGUCAUAGUGUCCAUAGUCCAUAUUACAAAAAUUGCCUAAAUACAUUCUAUGGCCCCUUUGCCAAGCUACAAACCAAUGAUGACAAAUUACAUCACUAAAUGAAUUAAAACUUGCAAAAAUAAAUGCUAGGCUAAAGAGGGUGGAGGGAAUGCUAAAUGGGAUGCAUGAAACAUGGGAAUAAACUUGUUAGUCAAAAGAAAAAACAUAAUAAGCACUAAGAAAUAAAAUCAUGCAAGAUGACACAAAAAGUUAACAAAAUGACAUUAAACCCUAAAAACUUAGGUAUGAAACCUAAAGCAUCCUUGGCCUCUAAUUCUCAUGCUUUAACAAAUUUUGAAAGAGUUUUCUUUAUCUCAAGUUAUAGCAUGAAAUUAUUGGAAACAUGCAAGCAUGGUUUCAUGCCAUAUUUUCUAGAAUAAACUUGGCAUUUUAUAUCUUUCAAAAUAUGCAUAUAUUGCUCAUAAAAUCAAGCACUCAUGAACCAAAUCAAAACAGCAAAACAACACGAAAUUAUAGGCACAAAUUUCUCAUAUUAACACAUCAAAAAGCUUUUAUCACAUAUUCGCACAUCAAGGACAAAUGUAUGAAGAAGAAUCCAUAACAAAUAAUUCAAAGAGAAUUAAAAUGCUAUGAAUUAACCAUACCAAAAUUUCAUAGAUCCUUAAUGUGCAAAAAUGUCAUAAAAACACUAAGAAAAUAUCAGGAAACAUGCAUGAAUUUUUCUAGGAAUUUUAUCACAAUUUUAAUCAAGACAUAGGUACAGGUAGCAAAAAUAGAGGUGUGAAAAGCACAGGAAUAGCAAAACGUAAAGAUCCAAAGGAAACAAAGGCCCAACCCAAAACCCUAAGGAACCGGAUUCACAGGAGCCACAGGAUUGAUCCAGGGUCCUGAAACCCUAGAUCAAACGGCCUGGAAUCAACAGGAUUGGACCGGUCUUGGACCGGUCUGGUUCACUAGCUUAUUUAAAAGGCAUGGCACCGGUUUUCUUCAUUUUUCACUCCCCUUUCUCUCUCUAGCUCUUCUCUCUUCUCUCACCUCUCACCUCUCUCUAAACCUCGCCGCCGGCGAGGAUGAAGCUACGGCGGAGACCUUGAAGGUCCGCCGGAAACUUCAUCUUCUCCGGCGAGUUCAUGCAGUUUCCGGUGACCUAAAUUUCCAGAUUUCAAAGAUUCUUACUUCGUUUGACUCGUCCUUUAACCCUAAACACGAAUCCGGCAUUUGUUUUUUCAAAAACGGCUUUGAACGACGUAGAUCUUGAAAAAGCUUUUACGGUUUUGAAAUGAUUUUUGAUUUUUUUGAAUGAGAUCAUUUAGAUCUUUAAAGAUCUACAUCGUUUCGUCGUUUGAUUACUUUUUGACGCCUGUUUUCGCUUUCAAAACGUUGAUCCUUACGGAUCUGGAUUUUGAUGUUUACGGUUAUAGUUUUCUUUGAAUUCUGGAACCUUUGGAUCUGUUUUGCUUGCGUGAUUUUUAGGUUUAACAGUGAUAUUGCUUUUGAAAAAGAGUAUGAGUUUUACCUAAGGUUUUGGUUGAAACCUUUAAUGGAGAAAUUCUUUGGAAAACUUCAAUCUCUGAUGCUACGUGAUUUGGCUUUGAAUCCGGAAAUAAACCGGUGUUCCUGCUGGUUUCUUGCUUUAUCGCCUUCUUCGCCGGUUUAAACCUUCAUCAUCUUUCUUUCUUCUUCGUCUUCCUCACUGUAUCUUCGUGAUCGGUGCUGGAGUUUGCCUUUGGCGAAUUCGCACUUCGAAUUGCGAAGAUAUUGAUUCAAUGAUGAUGAUUCUUCAAAGAAUCACUGAGAAUCCAUGAAAAAUAGCUUGAAUUUGUGUAGUUUCUGUUUCUGGAAAACGGUUAGGUUUUUUGUUCUUGGUGUUCUUGAUGAAUCUGAGGAAUUUUUUCUGUUUUGAUUCAGUUGCUGAGAAAGAGAAAAUUUGGAAUGUGUUUAUGAGUUGGCGUGUGUUCUCUGGCUCUGAGUGGCACUGUGCACCUUUUAUAGCUUGACAUGUGUGUAUCUGAACAAAUGAGAAAGUGACACCUGGACCUGAAAAAAAAAGAUGGCACGGCCUUGGGCAAAAAAUGAAAUUGGACCUUUCUGCAAAAUUGAAAAAAUAAGGGACUAAACUGCAAUUGACAAAAAGGACUGAAAUGUAAAAAAAGAAAAUUCUGGACUGAAAUGCAAUUUUGGGACCUCACUUGAGGGACCAAAAUGCAAUUAAAAAAUAAAAUUGAAUAAAAAACGUAAUUUGACCCAACGUAAAGCGAAACAAAAAAAUAAAAUUGACAAAACGGACUAAAACGAACCAAUGGCCUAAAUGAGGUACUUCAAAGUAACCUCCCCAUGCCAAAAUUUUAUGUGAAAUGACCAAAAUGCCCCUAGGGCUAAAAACGACCUAAACAGAUUCAAAUUGACCUGACACUGACUCAGACGCAAGUUUGAAAUGAAUUUUAACAAAGUUUACUGAUGAAAUGUUUAAAAGUAAUCUGAAAAGACUCAGAGACAGUCACAAGGAUGAAAAUGGGUCCCACUGCAGGAAAUGACCAAAAUACCCUUCUGUAUGACUUUUUGCAAAUUUUGGAAUAAACUGUAGAAAAAGCAAUGUAAUGAUCCAGAGACACUUUUGAAUGACUUACAAGACAAGUAAAGACAUUUUGAAAGGUUUUAUGCAAGAAAAACAUAGGUAAAAUUGUGAUUGAAAAUACUGCGAGGCAGAGACAAAUUGAACUGUGCAGUUGAAAUUUGAUAAUUGACAAAGUUUGAAAUGAAAUUGGGCCCAGUAUUUUUAGGUCCAAAAACAGGGUAUAACACCUCUAAUCCCAACAAAGGAGAUUUAGCUACUCAUUGUCAUGGAAGCCUUGCAAGAAUGAAUUGAAGAAGCAAGAUUCAUUACAACUUGUGAUGUCUCAACAAAGGAUGAAGAAUCCACUCUCUAUCACUCUCACUCUAUAAAGCACAAGCCCUAUCUCUCUCUCUCUAAGAAUAUUACAAGUGAAAAACUAAGAGAAAAACUAUCUAAAAACUAUAUAAAAAACUAUCUUUUUCUGAAAUGGUUGAGUGGGCUAUUUAUAGAAUUCUGAGUCUGCCUUCACUCGCCUCGCGAGCUGCUUCAUUCGCCAAGGCGAGUUGAAGUUUCUUCCCCAUUGGGUUUGUGCCACGUCAGCAUUUAGAGGCUAAACCGCCCUUACUCGCCUCGCGAGUCCUUCCAUUCGCCACGGCGAGUAAGCUCGCCUUCUACUCGCCAUUGCGAGUUGGUGGCGUGUGAUCUUUGUUGCAUUCUGGAAUUGCUCGCCUUUUCUGCUUGCCAUGGCGAGUUGGAGGCGAGUGAUCUCCUUUUUCUGCCUUUUUGUACUUUUCUCGAUUUUCUUCUCUUUGCUUGAUGUCUUGAGUUCGAAUCCUGCACAAAUGGGUGAAGUAAGAUAGAUAAAGCGUAAAAGGGCAAUAAUCACUUAUUUCUCGGCUUUUCCCUUAAUAACUUGCAAAACAAGUAACAAAAGUGCCUAAAAUAUAUCACUUAAAUUACAACUUUCUAGCACUUAUCAAACUCUCCCCAACUUAACUCUUUGUUUGUCCUCAAACAAAAUCUUGAAAAUCAAACAAGUUAAUAUGACAAGACACAAGUACAAAAGGUUUGAAAACAUUUUUAGAUGAAUGAUUCAAAGAGAAUGCGCGGGCAAGUCUGAGUUUCCAACUAAUCUGGAAUUCUACCACAAAUAUGAAAUGAGUUCUAUGCACAAAGUUCAUGUCAAAUAGUUCAAGUCAAUAAAACAUUUAUUCACGAACCACACCUAACACACUUCUUUGUAAGUAGAUAUGCAAUUGAAAUCAAAUGAGUGAGGGUUAUGAACACACAUCCGGCAAUCAAGUUAACAUCCAAAUCAAGUUAUAUGUCCAUCCAAUUAUCAUUUCAAAAAGCAUAAAAACAUGGAUCAAAAGGUCUUUUAGGGUUGUAAUUUGGCUUGGCUACAAAAGAAAGGACAUUUGUGGGUCAAUUGAAUUCAAAUGGUCAAGCAUAAGGGAACAUUCCUUCUAUUCACAUUCAAAAGACAAAUUUACUAGAAUUCCCUAACAAACCCUUGGUGUUAAAACAUGAUACUCCUUGAUCUUGACAACUUAUUCUAUUUUUGGAUUUUUCUUUCUUUUUCUUUUUCUUCUUUUCUUGUUUUUAUCAUGUACACAUUUUUCUUUUUCUUUCUUUUUUCAUAUACAAACAAUGUUGUCUUGAUCAAAAUUUCUGAUUACACCAAUUCACUUGACAAAUGAUGAACAUCUACCUUUUCUCCCCAACUUGAAUGAAAACAUACCCUAUUUGAAUGUUCCCUUAAUCUAUGGCAAAAAGGGACAAAUAACAAUGAAGGUUUAGGGUUCAACAAUUAAAACAUAUCAAGGUCCGAUAGUGCAACAAAAAUGAACUGGAUUUUGAAAAAUAUAGGGCGAAUUCAUCAAGCAUUGUGCUUAUGAAUUGACAGUUCAUAAUUGAGGACCUUGCUUCAUUUGGCUCAAGUGGGUUAACAAAUACUCGCUCUUCUCACAAGGUAGGCUAUUUGUGGUCAAGUAUGUUUCUCUCAUUAAACAAAAUAUGCCUUGAUCCUUUCCAUGUCUUUACACAAUUUAAAACAAAUAUUAGAUUUAACAUAAAAUGACCGAGUUAAAACAAUGAAUGCCGGUCUCCUUGCAUAUAGUACAAAUAUUUGAGGUUUCCUCACUUUUUAGCUAGUACUAAGUGGUUCACAAACAAACACAUUAUCGAGGAGAACUAAAUGAAUUGAAAUUUGUGCAAAGUACUCGUUUCCUAUUCAAGUAAAAACCUAGAAAAACUGGAAACUUGUACCUUGGCUUUGCGCUUUAUCACAAACCAUCUGUUAUUAUCAAUCAUCUGAGAAUUUUGCUCAAGUUUUGGCUCUUUCAAGCGCUUUGAAAUUUGAAGCUUUGAGCAUUUUCUUUUCAAUAAGCAAGAGUGAUAAACUAAAGAAACUUCCACAAUUUUCAAAACAAAGUACUUGAUAUAAACCAAAAGUGCUAAUAUAAAACAACACAAUACAACUUUGAACAAUACGAAUAUGAAUACGAAAAUACCAAAAUAAUUAAACAAAAUGCUAACUAAACAAAGUGAGUCAUUGUGCUAAAUUUAAAAUAUGAACAGAAGCAAAUAUUGUCAGAAGAAAUGAAAGAGAAAGAAAGAAUAGACUGAAAGCUUUAUAAAAAUGUCACUCAAUAAACGGUGAGCUUUCAAAGUCAUUCUUUUCCUCUUUCAACCCUGCAUGUCAUGAUCAUCUGAACCACCAGUUGCACUUGGGACUCUGUCUGGAUCGUCUCUGUCAGAAUCUCCCAUCAAUAUAUCGUCAGAAAGCGUCCCGAACGAUGAUCCACCCCCUCCGUAAGGAUCUGGCCUGCCCUCAGGCCAAGAAACAUGAGCCUGAUAGGCCUCUGGUGUCAUGAAUUGUGACAUCACCUCCGGUGGGUACCCAGCCUGCUGCUGCAUCACAUACUGAGACUGCUGAAGAUAUGUAUUAGCACGGUUGGUUGCGUCCAGCAUGUUCCAUGUAUGGGUAUGGCACUGGUAUUGCCAUUGAGCGAAGCUUGAAAAGUCAAAAGCAGCAGUGUGUGGGUCUAGAUGUGGUGGAAAGUGGGGUUGUGGUUCAGAUGAUGGUUGAGGUCGUGGUGGAGGUGCCCCAGAAGAUGAUGCUUGUUUGCUUUUAUCCUUCUUUGUUUCACCCAUAAUGUAUCGGGUGAUGAAAGCAUCAUUGAUCGGGUUCCGGAUCUUCUCAUGGACACUGGUUGGUAGGCGCAUGCCGGUAUCUUUAAUGAGUCCCAUGAUUAAACCGGGAAAAAAGAGACGAGCUUCUCUUUCACCUCUUCCUUGCAGGGUGACCAUUCGGAGUUCCCAAGCAAUGGUCCGGGCAAUAUCUACCUUGAUCCCCUUGAGGAUGUAGUAGAUUAAAGGACACACCUCGACAACACAAUCAGACAGAUGACUAUUGGGCCUGACAUUAUAAAGAAUGAAUUUUUGGAUAAUUUUGGCCUCAUUGGUCAUGAAUUUGUAUUGGGCCCGAUACUCUCUCCCUGCAUCACUGAUGUCAUAGUUAUAGUCUCCCAACAAGAGAAAUCGUUUGAUUUCUUCAUGGGGGCCCGGGAGGAUAAAGUGGCCAAGGUUUUGCUUCUCAUGAAAGUCAUCAAGGUCGUCUGGGUAGGCUAACUCAAAGGGGUUGCCAAGGUAUGUAUUUAUUGCCUCACGGUCAAACCGGAUAGUUCGACCCCUCACAAAAGUUUCGAAUGUAAAUGGGUCAGUGUGUGGAUUUUCAGGUAGGGCAUUGGCAUAAAACUCACGCACUAACUCGGCAUUAAUAUCUGUUAUGGGUUGAAGGAGUCGUUCCCAUCCUUGAUCGAGUAAAAGUUUGGCAAUUUCUUUAUAGGGUCCCUCGGGAUUAAGGUUAAAGACCCUCUCACACCACAUGGAUUGGUCAAGCAGUUCAAUAUAUCUAUCUUGAUGGUAGCGAGACCUAAAUCUCUCCCUCUCAAAGGCUUGGUUUCUAGGUGGGGGUCGGGUUGCGGAUGUUUCUCCUUUCUUGCGUUUACCAGUGUUAACGGGUUUCUUUGGAGCCAUACCUGCAAACACAACCAGGAAUUCCACAAACACCAAACAGACAAUUAAAUAUCAGUAUGGAACAAAAAAUAUUGCAUGUUCUGUUACCACUCGCCUCGCGAGCAGGUGCACUCGCCAUGGCGAGUAGUUGAAAUUUUCUGGGUUUCAGAUUGCUCACUCGCCUUGGCGAAUGAUGAAGCUCGCCAUGGCGAGUUGCCCAGAAAAUGACAAAAAUCGACCCUUUUUCAAAAUUUCUUUCAGUUUCAACAUUCUUAACCCUAAAUAUAGUAAUUCCGACCCUGAUAAUGACAAAGAGAUGAACUAAAUCAUGCUUUUGAGUUGAAUGUCGAAUUAUACCACAAAAACCCUAAUUUUAAUUUUAUUUUUAAUUUUUACAAAAGGGUUAACAAAAAUGUGGAUUGGAAUCAGAACAACCACGAAUUUGGGCAUGAUUAUGUUUCAUCUGAGUCAUGUAGGUAUCAGUUUGAAGAACAUUACACUAUCUACUACCCUAGGGUUUUUUUUUUUUUUUUUUUUUUUUUUUUUUUUUUGCAUGCAAAUUUGAAAUGAAUGGCAACAAAGUGAAUACAAACCUGAAUCAGAAGUAAUCUAAGUGCAGAAAUGAGUAUGCAAUAAGCUUGACUUGGAUUGACUUGAUAAAUUGGAAAAAGGGUAGUGUUGAGGUGUUAGGGUUUGAGAGAAGGAAGAAAAAAUUUGUGUGGUUGAUGAGAGAGAAAUGCAAAACCGAAAAUGAUGAAUUAAAGUUGGUAAAGGGUGGUUAAGAGAGAUUAAUGAGGGAGUUAGUGGCUUUGAAAACUGAAACUGUCAGAACUGCUGCCAUUCGCCUCGCGAGCAUAUGUAUUCGCCAUGGCGAGCAAUUUGGUGGUCAACGCAGUCAAAGGACAGUUUUACUCGCCAUGGCGACUAGUUGUACUCGCCUCGCGAGUAAUGACAGUUCAGACUUUGCUUUCUUUUGGCUUCUGAUUUGUGAAUGGUUUUGGUAUGCACAUGACUCCUACACCUAGUAUGCAUUAUAAAAAUAAAUAACUUACAAAGUUGGGUUGCCUCCCAACAAGCGCUUGUUUAACGUCGUUAGCUCGACGCCUUUUUCGUUAGGGUGGCCAAAAUGAAACGGACAACACAUCAUCUUUUGUAAUCCUGCGUGUUGGGAGGAAUUCCAUGAAUUUGAAGUAUAAUUGAUGUGGAGUCCAUAUCCUCCCUAACUUUGGUUUAUUGAACAAGGCACAAAUCUCAUCUAUGAUCCGAUCAAUCUCCAACUUGUUCACUUUCUUCCCCUUUCCUUCCAUUGAUUCUUCCUUGAUUAGUAUCCGAUCCUCUUUCUCUGUCACCUCCAUCACUUCUUCAUUUUCAACAGUUUCGACCUCUUCAGUAUAUGGCCGUUCUUGAGGAAAUUCUUCUGGAUGUAGUGGCUCUAAUUCUUCCACCAUUUUCAUUGUGCUACAUUCUUCUAGUAUUAUGUCUUCCUCGGUAUCAUCAACACCUUCUUCAACAAUCUUUCCGACUUCCACAAAUGUAUUUGAAUUAUUUUCUUGUUUUCUGUGAGUGGAUUGAAUGUUGGCUUGAAUAUCCAUGAUUUGUUCUUGCAUUAUUUCCAUCUGCAAGGAUAGAUUCUUCAAUCUCUGAUUGGUAUCCUGCAUGUUUAUCAUGGAUUGCUGCAUGAAGAUAUUCAAAGUAUUUUCCAUCUUUGAUAUUCGUUCAUCUUCAUAGGGAUGUUGUUGAUACUGUUGAUAUGAUUCAUACUCCAAUGGAGUGUAGAAGUUGUUAUAACCAUGAUCAGCCAUGAUUGCAUUUAUGUAGAGAAUCUGAAACGGAUAUAACUAACAAGAAAUUUUUCUUUGUAUGCAAAGAGGGGUUAGUACCAAUAACUAUACAAAAGAAAAUAUAUUUACAGAGUAUUUACUAAUGCUUAAAAUGAUAAAAUAGUCGCGAUGUCUACGAUAUCUAAACGCCAGUCCCCGGCAGCGGCGCCAUUUUGAUGUAGUAUUUUUNNNNNNNNNNNNNNNNNNNNNNNNNNNNNNNNNNNNNNNNNNNNNNNNNNNNNNNNNNNNNNNNNNNNNNNNNNNNNNNNNNNNNNNNNNNNNNNNNNNNUUUUGCAUCAAACAAUUGUAAGUAUUUAUAUCGUCUCCUCAGGGACUAGUGCGAUAUCGCGGACCGUUCGACACCAAAUAUCAUUUCAAGUUAAACGAUAGUUGAUUGUUUGUUUUAGUAACUGAAUUGCAAAUGAUACAAUUGAGAUUAAUAGGGCGUAAAACUUGUUAGGAUUAGAGUUCCUUGAUCGAGCGUCGCACGUAACCUAAUGAUCAUACAUGGAUUCUAGCUUUUCUUUGAUAUUAUCACGUAUCCCUCGACAACACCAUUCGUGUCCAAACAAUAUUGUGAAAUCAAUUGUAUCAUUCAAUGGUCGAUGUCUCAAACUAUUGAAUGAUUCAAGAGUCGAUCUUAUCGUUCAAUCGAUGAUUUCUCAAUCUAUUAAAUGAUAAGAAAGCUUUAGGUUUGGAUACUCAAGGUGAUUAUCAAAACAUCGAUUCCAUGUCUAGAAACUAUGUUUUGAUAGAUGGUUAUUCUAAACCUAGAUUCAAAAGUAUUUCUCAAUCACAAUUAAAUCAAAGAUAAAGAUUAAAGUGCAAGAAUAACCUCAAUAUCAAUUCAAAUGCUAGAACCAUAUAUUUAUAGAUCAAACGAUUACAUGUUAAACUAUGAUCAAGUACCUCUAAUCCCAACAAAGGAGAUUUAGCUACUCAUUGUCAUGGAAGCCUUGCAAGAAUGAAUUGAAGAAGCAAGAUUCAUUACAACUUGUGAUGUCUCAACAAAGGAUGAAGAAUCCACUCUCUAUCACUCUCACUCUAUAAAGCACAAGCCCUAUCUCUCUCUCUCUCUAAGAAUAUUACAAGUGAAAAACUAAGAGAAAAACUAUCUAAAAACUAUAUAAAAAACUAUCUUUUUCUGAAAUGGUUGAGUGGGCUAUUUAUAGAAUUCUGAGUCUGCCUUCACUCGCCUCGCGAGCUGCUUCAUUCGCCAAGGCGAGUUGAAGUUUCUUCCCCAUUGGGUUUGUGCCACGUCAGCAUUUAGAGGCUAAACCGCCCUUACUCGCCUCGCGAGUCCUUCCAUUCGCCACGGCGAGUAAGCUCGCCUUCUACUCGCCAUUGCGAGUUGGUGGCGUGUGAUCUUUGUUGCAUUCUGGAAUUGCUCGCCUUUUCUGCUUGCCAUGGCGAGUUGGAGGCGAGUGAUCUCCUUUUUCUGCCUUUUUGUACUUUUCUCGAUUUUCUUCUCUUUGCUUGAUGUCUUGAGUUCGAAUCCUGCACAAAUGGGUGAAGUAAGAUAGAUAAAGCGUAAAAGGGCAAUAAUCACUUAUUUCUCGGCUUUUCCCUUAAUAACUUGCAAAACAAGUAACAAAAGUGCCUAAAAUAUAUCACUUAAAUUACAACUUUCUAGCACUUAUCAGGGGCAUCUGCAGACCCGGUUCGGUUGACAAGUUUACGGAAGAAGAUGAUUGAGUUAAUGCUAUGGAGCCUGUUAUUUCUGCAAAAGACAAUGAUUUUCUCACAGCUUCGUUUCAGGUCCAGGAAUUUAAGGAUGCAAUGUUUUCUAUGCUUCCGGAUAAAUGUCCAGGUCCAUAUGGUUUUAAUCCUGUAUUUUUUCCAUCAUUUUUGGUCUAUCGGUAGUCUUGAUAUCUUUAAUGAAUGUUUUCUUUAAGAAGCUAAAUUAGCCCACUAAAUUGGCAUUGGAGAGAAUCGAACCUGAGAUCUUGAAGAUCUUUAAUGAAUGUUGCUCGUGGCUUAAUCACAAUCACUUUCUACCUUCACUUAAUUCCACAAAUAUAGCUUUGAUUUCCAAAGGUACUGAUUGGCAGCCUAUAACUUUGUGUAAUGUUCAAUAUAAAUUGGUUGUCAAAGUCCUAGCUAAUAGACAUAAGAGUAUCCUCCAUAAGUGCAUCUAUGACAAUCAACCAACUUUUGUUAUGGGGCGCUCCAUCAUUGACAAUGACAUGAUAGCUAUCGAAGUUGUGCACCAUAUGAAAGUUAGUAAGCGUGUUAGAUAUGAAAAAAAAAUCUCUCAAGCUUGAUACUAGUAAUGCCUAUGAUCGUAUUGACUGGUUAUUGUGGUGUGUAUCGAAGCUGUUGACUAUUCUGUUAUUGUGAACAAUGAUUUGGAAGACCUAUUAUUCCCGGAAGAGGUUUACUUCAAGGAGAACCUUUAUCACCUUAUCUUUUUAUUUUGUGUGUUGAACGAAGAUGGGAUAUCCACGACAUUUCUAUUUACAUAAAUGCACUUGUUAUUUCUCACCUUUUAUUUGUCGAUGAUUGUUUCUUAUUUUUCAGGGCUAAAGAGCGAUAAGCUCUAACCAUGAAAAGUAUUCUUUAGACUUACGAGGUAGCCUCCUGUUAAGCUAUUAGUCUCCCAAAGUUUGAGGUUUAUUAUUGUAGCAGUGUAUCAAAUCCGUUGAAGGAUUCCAUAACCCUCAUCUUAGGAGUUAGAGCUGUUAUGGGAACAGGGAAAUAUCUUGGCUUGCCAUCGAUGGUUCGUCGAAGUAAAGAAGCAACUUUUAGUUUUAUCAAAGACCGUAUUUGGCAUAAAAUCAAUCCAUGGAGAAGAAAGUAUCUAUCCAAAGUGGGUAGAGAGGUAAUGAUCAAGUCAGUGCUUCAAAAUAUUCCAUCUUAUAUUAUGAGUAUCUUUCUUUUUCCAAAUAAGUUAGUCGAAUCCAUGGAAAAAAAAUUAUAAAUUCUUUUUGGUGGGGCCAUGGAUGAUUAAUGAGAAGAGGGAUGCAUUGGUUGUCUUGGGAGAGAUUAUCAAUUCAUAAAAAUUAUGGAGGUAUGGGUUUCAAGGAUCUCACAUCUUUUAAUGUGUCUAUGUUGGGGAAACGAGGUUGGAAGUUCCACACUGAUACAUCGAGUCUUAUUUCCCAUCUUUUUAAGGAGAGAUAUUUUUCUAAUUGUGAUUAUUUGAGUUCUCGAAUUGGUCACAAUCCCAGAUAUGUGCGACGUUGUAUUUUUCGUGUUAAGAUUGUUGUGAAUUAGGGUGCAAGGUGGCAUAAUGAGGGAAUUGCAUUAUCUACUAACAACCCUAUGUAUGCCUCCCUAGCCCAUUUUACGGUGAAAGAUAUUAUUCACCCAUUCAGAAAGGUAUGGAACACUCCUUUAAUUUAUAAUCUCUUGAUCCGAUUACAGCAUGACUCACUGUGAACACACCACUCCAACCUCUUGUCACUGAAGAUAAAUUGAUUAGGAAAGUGGAAAAGAAUGGUAAAUAUUCUGUUCAUAGUGCCUACUGCCUUUGAGUUACAGAAAUUGCAGAUAACUCUCAUUUACUCUGGAGCAAUGGAGUUCCAUGUGAAAGUUAAAGGUUCCUCCUAAGGUAAACAAUUUUUUAUGGCGAGUUUUUAGAGGAUACUUUUCCAACAAGAGCCCAUCUUAGUAGUCAAGGGGUGCGUUGUCCUAUUGAUUGUGUUCCUUGUGGGAAUAAUUUUGACGAUGGUAUCCAUGUCUUAUUGAAAUGUCUUGGUGCUAUCCAAGUAUGGCAUCAUGUUAAUCUUUGGGACAAAAUUAAUAGUACUCUCUGACAAGAUUAUAAUAUGAAUGCUAUGAUUUUUCAUUUUUUGCAUCAAUUUUCUCCAGCUCAGAGUGAGCUGUUUGCCACAAGUGAAUCUUUGCUCCAUUUAGCUAUACUUUAUUUAGUUCAUUUAAGAUUAUGUCUACAAAACAUGUGGCACAAAAAUAUCUACUGGCUGAAAUUGAAAAUAAUACAAAAAACAAGUAAAACAUUGUUCCAUUGUAUUCACGCUCCUCCCUCUUCAUCUACACACAACCGCUGCUCUUCUCCCUUUCUCUCAUAUCGUCAUCAACCACCAUCCAGCCGUCGUCCGUCGCCGACCCUUUGCAUCAAUCGAGUCAUAAGUUCGUGUCGAAUUUCCAGUAUUUGGUCUGUGUGAAGACAAUAACCCCCUUACUGCAUCCUCAUUCUCAUUCCAAUUUCCCAUUCAGAAUUUUAAGGUUUAUCAUCUGAUUCCAAACAUAUCAUUUGACUAAUUCUUAAACAACAACAACAAACAAACAAACAUUGCUAUUGCAGUUUAAUAUUCCAAUUUCAUAUACAUAAUAUCAAAAUUAACAACAUUAACUGACUAAAUAACUAAGAAUGAAUAUUUCUAGGGUUUCAAAAAAAAGAAACAAUAAACAAAAUUAAGAUGAGUAAUGAAUGACCUGAUGCAUUUGUAGGAGCGAAAGUGCAUUUAACGAUUGCAAUUUUAGAAUUGAACAACGGAAAGAACGGAGUCUCAGGAACAAUGAGAGAAGGUGUAGAGGAAGGAAGAUGUUUUUGCUUAUGUGGAGCGGUAGGGUGGGACGACGGUACCCUGGUGGCAACGCCGGCGCUGACGAAAGGGUGAUGGUGGGGCGGCGUUUUUAGGAGAUGAAGGAGUGUGUUGUAUCAUAGGAGGAAGAGCAGAGGCGUGUGUUUAUUUUCCAAUAAACAAGUAUUUUUUUCGAAGCCUUUUAAUCUCAGCCAUUGGUUUUUUAUUUUUCACAUGUCAAACAUCCAUGAAGUGAAUUGGUAUAAAUGGAGGCUCUCUAAAGGAAGCAAAGAUGCACUCGUUAGCCACGAGAAUGUGGAGCUUGUGAAAACGGCGGAGUCUCAAACUAUGGUAGCAACAAAAUGAAACAAAUAUGCAGGUUGUUGAACGUGCUACACAUCUUCUUGAUGAAUGGAGAGCAGCCAAAAAUAUUAGGUCCCGAAUUGCGGCAAAUUCUAGUAAUGAUAAAAACGGGCAUGUGGAGCUUGUGAUAAACAAAUUCUAGUAAUGAUAAACAAAAUGUUAGGUCCGUGAAUUGUAACAUUGAUGCCUCUUUUUUCUAGUCAACGAAUAUGGUUUGUAUAUGCAUAUGUUUGCGAGAUUUUGCAUGUAAUUUGUGAUUGCAAAAAUUGAUUGCUUCUCUCCCCUUUGUCAAGUUGAUAUAGGAGAGGCUUUUGGGAUGUCUACGACUUUAAAUUGGAUAUCAAACUUUCAAUAUGAUAAUGUUGGUUUUGCUUUAGAUUCUAAGAAUGUCGUUGAUCAGUUUAGGUCAGUAAUAGAAGAUAAUAGUGAAUUUGGUUGUAUUAUAUCUGACUGUAAAAACUUGUUCCAUCAUAGGUAUCAGAACUCUCAUGUCGAGUUCAAUAGAAGACAAGCUAAUGAGGUCGUUCACGAGUUAGCUCAGGUAGCCCUAGGUCAUGUUAGCUCCCACAUUUACAAUAACGCAUCGUCAUGUAUUUCGUACAUUAUAGCUAAUGAACAACACUGUAUUUUCUUUCUUAAAAAAAAUUAUUUGGUGCAAAUCAAUAGUACAAAUCAACGAUGUUAGUAUCAAUGAUUUAUUUUUUGUUGAAGAAGUUAGUAUCAAUGAUUUUCAGGUAUAUUUAGAACAAUACAAAAAGUUCUUAAAAAAUGAUUUUUUUUUUUUUAAGAAGUUAUUAUCAAUGAUUUUCAGGUAUAUUUAGAGCAGUACAAAAAAGUCUUAAGAAAAUAUUCUUUUUUCACAUGAAAUGAAUUAAAUAUAAAUAUUUGAAACACAAAAUAGUGUUUUCUGGAUGAGUUUUGGUUUAUCCAUAAAAAAAGGUUUGAGAUUCUCCCAUAUCAUUUGAAGAUUCUUUGUUUUUAGAGCAUACUAACAAAUGACUAUAUAAAUUAGCUUAUAAUUGAUAAAAACAAAAUACAAAUUAGCUUAUGGGACACCUAAAAUCGGAAUUUUUCUAUUAUAAAAAGGGCAGGCCGGUCUCACCAACUAGUGUAUUGUAGCAGUUUUAUCAUAUUUUUACAUAAAAACCGUUUUCAAAAUUUGAGCUUGUGACCUUUCAAUCAUGUUACGUGGCAUUUGAAAAAUAUCUUAAUCAACAUUUUUUCAUAAAUAAUUCAAAAAAAACUAUUUAUUUUUAAAAUUCUUUAUCACAUCCAUCAACAAACUUUGAAUUAAAAAAAAAAAAUCAUCAAUAAACUCAUGAAAAAAACGAAAAAAUUCUACAAAAAAUAAAUAAAUAAAGUCGUUUUUUUAUGACCUAUUAGGGGGUAUUCCAAAAAAAUAAAAUUACAGCGGGUAAAUCAAAAAAAAUAUUUUACAGGGAGGAAAACAAAAAAUGAUCUAUAUUACAGGUAAAGCCAGUGGCAGAUCUUAGUAGAGACCCUUGGGUGCCAUGGCAUCCCCUGGGUUUUCAAUAUAUACCAUAUUAGACAUAUUAUUUUAGUAAGUUUUGAAUUGUCGCAGCAGUAAGCUAGUCUUAUAGUCCCACCAACGGUCGCGAGUGAGUUCGACACUCACGCCAUCUUUUUUGACAUUUUUCUCUCGUAUUUACAUUUUUUAUUCAAAAAAAACCACUAGCAGGGAUUCAAACCUGCAUCCCACUUGGUGCUUUCAAACAAUUUAAACCAUUACAGCAAGUGAUUAUUUUUAUCUACUUUUUGAAACUGGUUUACAUAUAUUUCAUGGUGGUUUGGCACCCCCAAUAAAUUUACUCAAGAUCCGCCACUGGGUAAAGCACCAUUAACCCCAAAAUAAACGAAAAUCUACAUUAACCAAAUUACAACACCACAUCAAAUCUACAUUUGACAAACUCAAAAAAUUCUAGAUAUGAGAUUAAUACAAUAAAAACCUAGAAUCCAAUUCAAGAACUGUUAAAUUUGGUAACAACCUUGUACAUUCCAAAACAACAUUCAAUGAGAAACUCGUCAGUAUCAGGGGUAAAUUCGUCGGUGUCAGGUAUUAUAAAUCUCCCUUUUUGAUUCUGCCCUAUGAAGCAUGCAAAUAUGGCCGUUGAAUCACACCUGAUAUGUUCUGAUACAUUGUCGAUACAUAUUUAAAGAGUGUCCAAAUUUUUUAAUUUAAACUAAAAAAUAAAAAUUUGGAUUCGUCACCGACACGUUGUCGUCAACACGUUUCUAAUAUGCCUUUGAUACAUCUCAUGAUUGUUCAAUUUUCCCCUCCUUAAUUAGAUGAAUGUAAAUUAUAAUAUAUACCCAGUUAAUUUAUUAGAAUUUUUUAAGUUUUCUUUCUUUUUCCCAUAAUUCUCUUACGGUUGCAAAUUGAAAUCACAGCUAACUAAGAGUGCAUAUAAUAUGUCAUACUUACCAAUUGUGAACAAAUCACUAUAGAGGAUAGAGUUCCGAGCUUUAUUUUAAUUUUUAUGUGUAUGUUAAAUGCAUCGUAUUCUAUAUUUUUCAAUGAUUGAUGUCCGUAUUUAUACGUGUGGUAUCUGAUACUCGUAUUAUGUCCAUGAAUAAUAGAUUCAACCAAACAACUAACAACCAUACCUUUAAAAUUCUAUCUUGGGGCACAUGAGAGUGCACCCAAAGCCAUGAUCUAGGCGCAUAAACCAUGCUUUAGGCGCAUGGUGCUGCCUCAUGGGCACAGGUUCUCCGAUUUCCCGUCUUUUUAGGUCUUCGUCUUCAAAUAACUUGCCUCGGAACUUAGGAACAUAAUUCCUCCCACUGUAAAGUCUCAUGAGGUCUCUUGAAUCUUCAUUUUUGGUCUUCCCAAAGUCUUCACAAAUCUUCAGAUGGUCUUGAUUUGUCGAUUUGCAUGAUUUCUUCGUGAAGUACUUCAAAAAACCCCUAAAAUUGUUAUGUUUCGGGAAAACUAGAAUUACAUACUAAAAUAUAGAAAACAUUACAAAAGUCCCGAAAUCAUAUGCAAUCGUUCUAAUACUCCACCUUUUUUGCUGCUAAAAUCUACUAAAAAUGACUGAAAAACAUGCUAAAAAUAACGUAAGAUGACCUGUCAUCAAAAUCAAAACUAACUAAUAGUGCAUAUAAUAUGCCACACUUACAAAUUAUGAACAAACCACUAUAAAGGAUAGAGUUAUGAGUUAUGAGUUUAGUUGGAAGUUCGCCACUUCUAUUAAGCUUGUGUUGUGAUUUCAGUUUAAAAUUUGUAACUAACGUUUACUACUUUAUUUUAAUUUUUAUAUGUAUAUAUUAAAUGUAUUGAAUCCUAUAUUUUCAAUGACUGACGUAUCGAUACGUGUUGUACCUGAUACUCGUAUUGUGUCUGUGAUUAAUAGAUUAGCCAAACGACCAACAACCACAACCUUAAAAUUCUCUCUCCCACCCAUUUUUAGAAACGACCCACAACCAUAGUAUUUUUCUUUGACCUUUUGGAAGCUAGUUUACUAAGUAAUGAAUAAGAUGAGCACCAUACUCCUCAGUUAUUUGUGACACAAGCAAUUGAAGCUUAAUAUAGUUUUAGACUUGGAAGUUUUAUUAUAACUACUGAUGACAUAUCAUCUUUCAAUUUUGAACAAUCCACUAUAAAGGAUAGAGUUCUAAGUUUAGUUGAAAAUUCGCCACUUCUAUUGAGUUUGUGUUGUGAUUUUAGUUUAAAAUUUGUAAUUAAUGUUUACAACUUUGUUUUAGUUUUUACAUGUGUAUGUUAAAUGUAUCGUAUCCUAUAUUUUUCAAUGACUGACAUAUCAAUAUGUGUUGUAUCUGCUACUCGUAUCGUGCCCCGUGAUUAAUAGAUUCAGCCAAACGACCAACAAUCACUGCCUUCAAAUUCUCUCUUCCACCCAUUUUCAGAAACAACCCACGACCAUGGUUUUUGUCUUUGACCUUUUGGAAGCUAGUUUACUAAGUAAUGAAUGAGAUGAGCACCAUACAUAGUCCUCAGUUACUUAUGACACAAGCAAUUGAAGCUUAAUACAGUUUUAGACUUAGAAGUUCUGUUAUAACUACUGAUGACAGACCAUCUUACGUUAUUCUUAGCAUAUUUUUCAGUAAUUUUUAUUUAGUUUUGAUCCGAAAUAGAGGAGUUUUAGAGCUAUUACCUAUGGUUUUGGGGAUAUUUUGUAAUGUUUUCAUUUAUAAUCAUGUAAUUCUAAUUUCUCAAAAACAUAACAAUUCUAAAGUAUUUUGAUGUAAUUCAAAAAGAAAUCAUACAAAUAUAUUUGCUAACAAAAACAAAAGGUGAAUAUUGUUAUAAGAUCAAAUUGAUCUAAAAUUUAAAUUAUUUAAGUUUAUAUAGACAAAUAGUAACCUAACAUACUUAAUCUACUCUAAAAGAAACAUAACAUACUUAUUCUACUAGCUAGUACUACUAUAUUACUCUCUUAGUUUACUAUGUAUACUAUUCAUACAAGACAUUUUAUCAUAUAUGUUUCUAUUAAUAUAAAGAUAAAUAGUAAGAUAAAGAUGUUAGGGUUAAUAGUGUUUUUCACCCCUGUAAUAUAUGUCAUUUUUUGUUUUCGUCCUUAUAAAAUUUUUGGUUUGAUUUGCACCCUCGUAAAAAUUUUAUUUUUCGAAAAACACCCCUAAUAGGCCAUUUUCAGAUUUUUUUUUUUCAAGAAAUUUUGGUUUUUGAAUGGCCUAUUAAGGUUGUUUUUCGGAAAAUAAAAAUUUUACGAGGGUGAAAUCAAACUGAAAAUUUGAUAGGGGCGAAAAAUGAAAAUGACAUAUAUUACAGGGGUGAAAAACACUAUUAACCCAAGAUGUUAUUAGAUUUUUCUUAACAAAAUACUUUUAAAAUAUCUACUCUUAAUUAUCUUUUGUUAAUAUUCCUCUAAUAAAAUAAAUUUUUUUGUAAUUGUCAAAAAUGUGCAUCGCAUGUAAGAAAGUUACACAAACAAACCACUUUUUCAAUAGUCAUAAACAUUUAACCAAAAUCAAUCAUCUUGAUAGGGGGUAGUAUAUGGGACACCACUUGUGUACCAUUAAGGUAUCAAUGUUAUAUAACAUUGACCAAUAAGAGUGUGCCACAUACCAAUGUUACUUUAUAAAUGUUUUAUUUGAUAUAUGUUUUUUAAAGUGUGUGCCACAUGUCACACCUUAAUUGGCUAAUGUUAUAUAACAUAAUGGUACACAAGUGCUAUCCGUAGUAUAUGGCCCUGGCGAAAAGGGGGCCGUCGUAAAAUUCUUAUAAGUUAAUACUCUCUUUUUCGGGGAAAUAUCUUAAUAGCCAAUACUUUUUUUCACAAACACAUGCCAAAAAAACAAUUUCACAAACAAACACGUACAUCACGAGUUUCAAGAUAAUAAGAGAUCAACUUGGAGUUCUAUAUAGUCUUCAACUUCAACAUUGUUACGUACAACCAAACCAUUCAUUGUAGACAUGUCUUUUGCAGUAACAACAACAAUAUUUGCUUUCCUUCUCUUCACUUUCACAUACUUUCUAUUCAAACUAUUCUUGCAUUCAAAACAAAAAACCAUUAUCCAUAAAAAACCACCAUGUCCACCAACACUACCAAUAAUAGGAAAUCUUCACAUAUUAGGCAAACUUCCACAUAGAACACUUCAAUCACUCUCCAAAAAAUAUGGUCCAAUUAUGUCUUUACAACUUGGACAAGUUCCAACAAUUGUCAUUUCAUCUUCAAAAGCAGCAGAAUCAUUCCUCAAAACCCAUGACAUCGUUUUCGCAAACCGACCGAAACUUAUAGGAGCAGAGAUCAUAUCUUAUGGUUGCAAAGGGUUGGCGUUUUCUAAGUACGACCCUUAUUGGCGUAGUGUAAAGAAACUCUGCACUUUGAAACUUCUUAGUGCUUCAAAAGUUGAGAAGUCGGGUCCUAUUAGAACAGAGGAGUUGGGUAUUUUGGUUAACACUUUGAAAAAAGCUUCUUUGGUAGGUGAGGUUGUGAAUGUCAGUGAGAUUGUAGAGAAUGUUAUUGAAGAUAUUGUGUAUAAGAUGAUAUUGGGUAGAGGUAAGUAUGAGCAAUUUGAUUUGAAGAAGUUGGUUCAAGAAGGAUUGGCUUUGAUUGGAGCUUUUAAUCUGGCUGAUUAUGUUCCUUGGCUAGGAAUUUUUGACCUUCAGGUAAGUUUGUCAAAUUAUAUAUAGCUUUUUUAAGCUUAAAUAUGAAAAUGGUCCCUCCAAAUAUUUGGCGUUUGUUUUAGUCCAUAUAAAAAUAUUUUUUUGAUUUUAAUCCCUGCAAAUAUAAAAUAUUUGGUUUUGGUUCUUGGUAUUUUGUUUUAAUCCUUGUAAAAUCAUUUCAUAUUGAAAUUGGUCCCUAUAAUAUUCAUUUUAGUCCUCAUUUUAAGGGACUAAAAUCAAAUAUUCUACAUACUACAAGGACCAAUUCCAAUAUGAAUCAAUUUUACAAGGACUAAAACAAAAUAUCAAAGACCAAAAUCAAAUUUUUUAUAUUUGUAGGGACUAAAAUAAAAAAAAAAUUUACAGGGACUAUAACCAAUCAUAUUUAAGGCCUCUUUUUAAUACAUGGUCAGAUUAAAAAAAUAUAAUUAGAUUUGUAUGAGAAAACGAAAUUAUGAGUCAUUUUAUAAAAUUACCUUUUAUUAAUGAAUGAUAUAGAAAAAAUAAAUUAAAAAAUUUAAAAAAGAUAAAGUAAUAAAUAUUUAAGAAUAUGGAAUAAUUAAUAUGCUAUUGGUUAACGACUAAUAAUUUGAAACAAUUUCCCCUAAAAAAAUUUAUAAUUUAGGCUCUUUUUGUCAAGGUCAAGAACAUAAUUUAUAAAUAAUUUAAAACAAAUUAUGCUCUUUUUGUCAAUUUUCUUAAAUUGUCAUGUUUGAUAACAAUCUUUUUACCAUAAAUUUAUAGCUUAUUUUACUAGCUUAUAACUUAUCUUUCAUAUAGCUUAUAGCGUUUGAAUUUAUAGUGUAUAAUUUAUCAUCUUUUAUUUCAUUGGAUUGAUUAUUAUUUUUUUAUUUUUUAAGGAAACCAUUGGAUUGAAUUAUUUCAGCGACUUAUGUUCCAAUUUGAUUAUUUCUUUUGGCAAUCUUCUAAUUCUAACGAUAACAAACAUAUACUUUUUUCCACUAUAUUUUACUUUGGCUUGUGUAUGUAUUAUAUUAAGAAUUUAAUUCUGUUUUUUUUUUUUUUUUUUUUUUUUUAUCCCUAAUGAUUUUAUUAAAUUUUCUUUUUAAUUUCUGCAAAUCGGAUAUUAUUUUGUUUGUGGGAUAAAAAUAUUAAAUAUUGAUAACAUUUUUAUAAAGAAUUAACAACAUCCUUUGAAGUCAUUUUACAUUUAUCAGCUAGUUAAACCGCGCUACUUUUAUCAAAUACUUCAAUCAGCUUAUAAGUUAUCAGUCAUCAGAUAUCAGCUAUUAGCUAUCAGACAUCAACCAUAAACUAUAAAUUAUAAGUUAACUUUUCAGCUAUUUACUAUUUUUAUCAAACAAAACCUAAAAAAGAGGGAGUAUUAUGUAUAAGAAAUAAAAGAUUAAUCAUUGACUUUAGUUUUAUUUUAAGUCUCAUAAACAAAUUUCCUCAAAAAAAAAAGUCUCAUAAAUAAAUAUCGUGAUUGUAUAUAAUUUUGGUCACUCAAACGUGGUAUUGCACUGUAUUUAUCCUUUACACUGUGUUUGGUUGAGGUGAAAUAGGAAAGAGAAAGAGCAGGCAGAGAAAAAGGUGAGAAGUUCAAAACUUCUCCUGUUUGGUUAGAAAAAGAAAGAGAGAUAAAAACAUGUGGAACCCACAUCUCCUUUUUUUUUUUUGGUAGAUAACCCACCUCUCCUUUUAGUCUCUCCAAAGUAGUGAAGAAACAAAGAAGAAACCCACUUUUUAUUUUUUAUUCCACUAAUGCCCUUGUGAAAUUGUUGCAAGUUUGCAACACGGCACGGACAAAACGGAAGCAUUGGUGUGAUUAGUGAUAAAUUGAUAAUGUGUCCCUUGCCUAAUAUACAGUGAGUAAGCAAACUUUUUAAAUGUACUUAAUAAUUGAUUGAUUGAAUUACAUAAAAACUAUAAUCUGUUUAACUUAAUUCAGUUAAACUAAUUAGUUUAAUUUACCACAAAAAAAAAAAAUUUAAUUGAUAUAAAGUUUAAAUAAAUAAUUUAAUUAAUUAGAAUAAAUUUGAAUAAAAGAUUAAAUAAUUUAAUUUUGACAAAGAUUAAAUAAUUUAAUAGAUUUUUUUAUUGUAGGGGUAUCUUUGUACUUUUAUAAAUAAUCAACACUUCUCUCUCUUCUAUCUCUCUUUUCUCCCUUUUAUGCCAAACAACACAUCAAAUCUACUUCAUUUCUCACAUAUCUCUCUCUCUCUCUCUCUUCACAACUUCUCUUCCAAACUAAACAAACCCUUUAGUGUUUUUCUUCUAGUUCAAUAAAUAAAAGGCUUAAACGCACUUUUAACCCUCUAAGUUUGCAAAAGUUGUAAUUUUGGCACCCUAUUAAAAAAAUGGCAAAAGUGACCCCCCAUGUUUAUCCCAUUUUGCAAAACCUCAAUUUUGACUUAGUCAAAUUUAUGUGUCACGCCACAUCAGUUAAAAAAUCGCUACGUGUCUACUUUUUGAAUUUAAAAUAAAUGUAAAUACCACAAGUGUAUAUGUAGAAUUAAAAUAAUAAAAAAGAAUAAAAAAAUAAAAGGAAAGAAUUAAGGAGAGAAGCGCUUGGUUUUCUUCUCUUCUUCCUCUGUAACAUCAAACUCGGGUAAGAAAGGAAAAUUAAACCCAGAAAGCAACGUGAGUCUUCAUAUCUUCAUCUCCAUACUUCAUAGCAAUCUUCAUAUCUUCUAAUCCAACCCAGAAAGAAAGAAAAAAAAAAACGAAUCCUUCAUUUAUUAAUUGGAAAACUAAACAUGCAUACACUUUAACUCUCAUUUCUUUAGGACAGUAUCAAUAGUGAUGAUAAAAUAAAACCGUAGGUCUGUUGAAAAAUAGUGUAUUAGGUCAAAAUCACCCAAUUUCAUCUCCAACUAUACCUCCAGCACCAAUUUAUUAUCCAAGUGAAGAUGAAUUCAAAGAUCCAUUAGAAUUUAUUCACAAAAUCAGACACGAAGCCGUACCGUAUGGAAAUUGAUUUGGAGUUUUCAAAUUUUGAUUUUGAGAGAAAAAAUAGCCCAUUUUUUUUUAAUUUCCAAAAUUUUAAUUCACGUGCUCUUUUCUUCAAAAAACAUCACGUGCUCUUAUGUUUUUUUUUUGCUUUUUGAUUUAUAUUUAAUUUCAUUAAUUUAUAUCUGGCUUUUUUAUUUAAUUUUUAAUUGGAAAAAACACAUGUGGUGUGCCAUGUAGGCUUGAUCAAAUCAAAAUUAACGUUUUGCAAAAAGAGAUAAACAUGGGGUCACUUUUACCAUUUUUUUUAAUGGGGGUCAAAAUUACAACUUUUGCAAACUUAGGGAGUAAAUAGUACGUUUAAGCCUAAAUAAAAUGAUUACCUAAUUUUCAAACUCAACUGCCCUUCACUUGUAGUUAAGGUAUUCUGAUGAUUUUAGUUACAAAUACCUUAAAUACCAAGUGAUGGUUUGAAAUUGGGGGCUAAAUUUCACAAUCUCAAUAUUUGAGGUACUACGUAGGAGAAAUUUUGAAAAAAAUCAGACGACCCCUUCUUUGCACAAUGGAAAAAUAUUAAGGUCAUGAUAAUUUAUUUUUGAUAAUUUUUUGGUGAUGUAAUUUUCAUUUUGUGGUGUUUAAUCUUUAAUAAUGAAAGGUUGCGUUAACUUUUAAGUGGUUGAAGGUGAAGUUUCCUUUUCUUCCCUUCAAUUAUCAUGGUUGGUGGCUUAAUCCGUUUACUGUUUUAGGCAUUGGCUAUUUUCUGUUCUUUUUGGCUUGUUUUCUGGUGUUGGCUCUUGUCUUGUAUAUAUGUUUUGUUCUUUUGUUGUAACUUGCUGGGUUUUUAUUCAUUUGUACAUCUUGUGCUAGGAAGACCCUCGUGGUGUUAAUAUAUUUCAUUAAUUUUAGUUUCUUCAAAAAAAUAAUGAGAGGUUGCCAUAAUUUAGAAACCAAAUUGAAUCAAGUUUUAAAUAUUUUAAAUUUCCUUAAAUAUAUUGUUAUCAAUUUUUCAAGCCCAGUUUAGUUAGUAAGAUGCUUCAACUAUAUUCAUAGGGCUUCGAGUUCUAGUUAUGAAGGGGGAAAAUGGAGAACAUUGAUACUCUUUUAAAAAAACUUGCUCUAAUGAUUUUGUUAAGUACAAUGAAAAUAUUUAUUUAGUAAUUGAUAUUUUAUGUUUAACUCAUUGUUAGGGAUUAACAAAAUCUUGCAAGAAAGUUAGUAAAGCAAUUGAUGAGCAGCUAGAGGUGAUAUUAACAGAACAUGAACAAGCUGCUAAUGUAAACAAAACUCAUCAUAAAGAUUUUGUAGACAUACUUCUUUCAAUUAUGCACCAAACCAUUGAUGUCGAGGGUGAACAAAAUCUCGUCAUUGAUCGAACUAACAUCAAGGCUAUUUUGCUCGACAUGAUAGUGGCAGCAAUCGAUACAUCUGCUACCUCGAUUGAAUGGGCUUUAUCUGAACUUUUAAGACAUCCAAGAGUGAUGAAAAAGCUUCAAGAUGAGAUACAAAAUGAAGUAGGAAAUAAAAGAAAGAUUGAGGAGAAAGAUAUGAAGAAGUUGAAUUAUUUAGAUAUGGUGGUUGAUGAGACCUUAAGACUUUACCCUGUUGCACCAUUACUAGUCCCUCGUGAGUCUAGAGAGAGCACAAUAAUUGAUGGUUAUUUUAUAAAGGAAAAGACACGACUUAUAGUAAAUGCAUGGGCAAUAGGGAGAGAUCCUAAUGUUUGGUCAGAAAAUGCCGAAGAAUUUUAUCCAGAGAGAUUUAUUGAGAAAAACUGAAUUAUCUCGGACAAGAGUUUGAAUCUAUACCAUUUGGUUCUAGUCGUAGGCGUUGUCCUGGAAUUCAAUUGGGUUUAAUUACGAUUAAGUUGGUUAUAGCUCAAUUUGUGCAUUGCUUUAAUUGGGAACUUCCACAUAAUAUUAGUUCUUCUAGUUUGAAUAUGGAGGAAAAAUUUGGACUCACUAUACCAAGAACUCAACAUUUGCAUGCAAUACCAAGUUAUCGUUUGGAUGAUGCUAAACAUGAAUAGUUCUAAGUACAAUACUAUGUUGUGUUCAACAAGUUAAUUGCUAGUAAAAAUGCCAAGUAUGGUAGCUUAGUCCACUAAAGCUCUUGCAAACGGAAAGUUCGGAAAGGGGGUCUAACCAAUUAGUGUAUUAUAACGACCUUGGUACUUUCCAAAACAACAUUUAAUGAAGAAUCGGUUCCAGAAUCAGACAUGUGAGUUCAAUUGCACGAGAGGGGUGAAUUCGCCAAUGCCGGAAUUAGAAAUCUCCCUAAUUGAUUCAGCCCUAUGAAGCAUUCAAAAUUACCGUUAAAUCUCACCUGAUAUGCUCUCGUCCAUACGUAUCGAAGAAGUAUCCAAAUUUUUUAAUUAAAAAUAAAAAAUAAUUUUUUUUAACACGUCACAUAUACGUUGCGAUACGCUGCCAACACGUCUCUGAUACAUCUCAUGAUUGUUCAGUUUUUAGUUUUCCCCUAAUUACAUUCUAUCUUUACUAUGAUUAUGAUUGAUGCAUGUCAAUUAUAAUGUGGCAAAUUCUAUGGUACAUCCAAAAAUAUGAGUGUAUCGUUACAUCAAAUCGUUAAAUCAAUAAUUAAAUGAGUUGUUUUUUGAUUUUUUUAUUAUCAUUGAUAAUUAUAAUAAUUAAAUCUUAUUGAACAAAAACUUCGACGAAAUAAAAAAAAAUUGAAUUUUUAUUACUCAUAAUAAAGAAUAUUGAUGAUUUUUUAUGAGAAAAUGUUAAAAAUUUAAUAUGAUUCUUAUAAACAAUGAAAUGAUGUUUUUUCUUACGAAAUGAUGUUUUCUAAAAUAUAAAUAUGGACAAAUAUUUUUUUUAUUUCAUAAAAUGAUCGUUAAUUUAUAAAUUUAUAGAGCAAGAGUACCGGUAAACCUUAAUUUGUGAUGUGUACCGUAGAAGUUCCCUUAUAAUGUACCCAUUUAAUUUAUUAGAAUUUUCUAAGUUUUCUUUCUUUUUUCCAUAAUUAUUUUACGGUUGCAAAUUGAAAUCACAGCUAACUAAGAGUGCAUGUAAUAUGCCAAACUUACCAAUUCUAAACAAACAACUAUAGAGGAUAGAGUUCUGAGUUUAGUUUGAAAUUCAUCGCUUCGAUUGAGUUUGUGUUGUGAAUUUAGUUUAAAUUUUUUAACUAAUAUUUAUAACUUUAUUUUAAUUUUUAUAUUUGUAUGUUAAUUAAAUAUAUCAUAUCUUAUAUUUUUCAAUGACUGAAGUAUCGAUUUGUGUCGUAUCGGAUGCUCAUAUUGUGUCCAUGAUUAAUAGAUUCAACCAAACGACCAAUAACCAUACCCUUCAAAUUCUCUCUCCUACCGAGUUUUAAUUGAUGUUUACAACUUUAUUUUAAUUUUUAUAUGUGUAUGUUAAUUUUAUCGUAUCCUAUAUUUUUAAAUGACUGACAUAUCGAUACCCUUAAAAUUUUCUCUCCCACCCAUUUUUAGAAACAACCCACAACCAUGGUUUAUUGUCUUUAUCCUUUUGGAAGAAGUAUUUGUUAAAGCAUAUCACAAAAGAAAUGGAAGCAAGUUUUCUAAGUAAAGAUGAAGAUGUGCACCAUAGUCCUCCAUUACUUGCGACAAAAGCAAUUGAAGCUUAAGACAGUUUUAGACUUAGAAAUCAUGUUAUGACUACUUUGCUCAUGUUUAGGAAAGUUAGUUAUGAUACAGUGAGGUGAAGAUCACAGUAGUUUAUGCUGAUCUAUCACUGAAAUACCAUAAGUACAUGUAAUUGCUUCUAUUACAAGUUAAUGUGAAAUAAUGGUUCAUUGAACCAAUUCUUGAUUCUUUUAUUUGUUUUUAUCUCAUUUUUUUAUCAAUCUUUUGUUAUCUCAACAUUAUUUGUCUCGUGUGUUUGUAAGAGAACCCAUGGUGGCUGGUUUAUUACACGCUUGGAGGAGAAGGAGGUAGAAGGGGCAAUCCGCGCGCGUGUUUUUUUAGGGUUCUAGGUAGAAGUUGAUUUUUAAUUGAAGAAGCUUGAUAAAAUUGGUGUUUUAGAGUUUCCUAAGAAGAGGAGUGUAGCAGAAGUAACAAAAUUGAAAAGGGAGGAAGAUUAAAUCACCAAUGUAGCAUAUUUGUGUUUGUUGUUUUUUUUUUCUUUUUGCAUAAACAUGGCAAACAAAGACGAAGAAGAAAAAAAUACACAGGACAGAAGAAGAUUUUGGAAAUUGUUUUUAUUAAUGUUGUGAUGAAGAUUUAUGUAUGAAGAUUAAAAGAAAAGCAACAGUGAUCUGGGUUUCUCUUUAAACAUUCUAGAAAAAGGGGUUUUAAAUAAUUUUAUGUUUUUAAAAUUAAUGACUUUUUUUCUGCAGGAUUAAAAUUAAUGACUUGGUAACCAAUAUUCAUGUGGAAGUUUUUUUUUUUUUAAAGAAAUAUAAAUACACACUCAACUACGUAAUCCAUUGUACACAAUCAAAAAAUCUUAAAAUGGAAGAGGAAUCUCAAACUUUUCUUUUUUAAACCAAAAUUCGCUCGUGUAAACAUUAUUUGACCCUAAAAAUAAUGAAUAUUUAGACUUAAAUAUGCAAUUUAACCUUAGUUUUUUUUUUCGUCAUUCGAGUUUUUUUUUAUAAGCAAGAGAGAGGACAGGCAUCAAGAGACAUCAUCGACAUCCCAACUAGGUUGGCAUCUCAAGAGACCUCCAUCGUAUGCCGCCAAACUCAAAAGAUUUUAUUAAAAAAGGGGGAAAAAUAAUUACAAAAGGAGGGUGGACAAGACCAAAACUCUCAAAAUGAACGGAAAAGAAAAGCAACAGUGGAAACAACAAAACAGUCCAAAGAACAGAUCAAAGAAAUCUGUAAUUAGGAAAUCCACAAUAAAAAUUAGAAUUUGUGACAUAUAUAAAUUUUUAAAGCAAUCCAAGUAUCAAAGUUAUUGAUACCUCUAACAUUCCAAUGUGUGCCAAAUAUUGUAUUCAAAAAUUGUGAUCAACCAAUACUUUUUCAACAAGGAAUAGAUAAAUGGAGCACUCCUUGGUGGUAUGGUGACAUAUGUUGUAGCUUCUCUGUCCACAGAAAAACGUGUACACCAACUUGGAGUUCUUGAUAUCUUCAACCUCGUUACUUCAGCCAAACCAAAUCAUUCAUUGUGGUCAUGUCUUUUGCAGCAACAACUAUGCUCUAUUUCCUUCUCUUCACUUUCAUAUACCUUUUAUUCAAACUCUUCUUACAUCCAAAACAAAAUACCAUUAACCAUAAAAAGCCACCAGGUCCACCAACACUACCAAUAAUAGGAAACCUUCACAUGUUAGGUAAACUUCCACAUAGAACACUUCAAUCACUCUCCAAAAGAUAUGGUCCAAUCAUGUCCUUACAACUUGGUCAAGUUCCAACAAUUGUUAUUUCAUCUUCAAAAGGAGCAGAAUCAUUCCUCAAAACCCAUGACAUCGUUUUCGCAAGCCGACCGAAGAUUCAAGGAUCAGAGCUCAUGUCCUAUGGUUCUAAAGGGUUGCCUUUUUCUGAGUAUGGUCCUUAUUGGCGCAGUAUGAGGAAAUUUUGCACUUUGAAACUUCUUAGUGCUUCAAAAGUUGAGAAGUCGGGUCCUAUUAGAAAAGAGGAGUUGGGUGUUUUGGUUAACACUUUGAAGAAAGCUUCUUUGGUAGGUGAGGUUGUGAAUGUUAGUGAGAUUGUCGAGAAUCUUAUUGAGGAUAUUGUGUAUAAGAUGAUAUUGGGUAGAGGUAAGUAUGAGCAAUUUGACUUGAAGAAGAUGAUUAAAGAUGGAUUAACUUUGAUGGGAGCUUUUAAUCUGGCUGAUUAUGUUCCUUGGCUAGGCAUUUUUGACCUUCAGGUACAUUUGUACUAUUUAUUACUACUAUCUCGUUAAAUAUAAGAUCAUUUUGUGUUUUUUCUGUCGCUUUUUAUAAGAACCCUUUCAAAUUUUAAUGUAGAUUAAUUAUUUCUUUAUCAAUAUAUCCUUAUUUAUGUUGCAUAUUUUUAUACAAUAUAUAAUAAAUAUUCUACGAAAACAUCAGCUAAUUUCUUUCAUAAAGGAUAAAUAUGUAAAACAAUAUAAAUUGUAAACAAAAUUAAUUCAACAAUUAAUUUUCUUAAUUCCUGUGUUUUUCACGAAAUGGUUCUAUAAUUAAGGACGGAGGUAGUAUUUAUAAGAAAGAAAGAUAUUGAAUAUUAACAUACAUUUAUUUUAGUCUGAUGAUUUUGGCUUGGGAUCCGGGAGUAUGCACCUCCUCGAGGUCUCAGGUUCGACUCUCUCUGAUGCCAAUUUAAGUGGGUUAAUUUAACUUCUUCAAAAAAACAUAUGUUUAUUUUUAACACACUUAGAUUGGCCUGAUGGUAUUGGCUUGAGAUCCGGAAGUGUGCUGUUUCAUAAAUAGAGUGUUCUUCAAAACAAAACAAAAAACUCAUAAAUAGAGUGAUUGAGUGAUUUUGGUCACUCAAUAUUUAAUAGUUCGGUAUUGGUCCUUUAGUGUUUUUCCCUCUAUGGCUUUAAAAGGGUUACCUGAUUUUAUCUCAAUUGCCCUUCACUUUUAUAUAUGAAAUUGGAAACUGGGUCAAAUUUCACAAUAUCAAAAUAUUUUAGGUACUAGAAGUAAGAGAAAUUUGAAAACAAGUUAGAUAAUCCCUUUACUAUACACAAGGGAAAAUUGAAUUAACUCUACAAAAAAAAUGAGUUAACUCUUAAAUAUUUUCCAUUCGGUUAAAUAUUUCAGUUAUCCAUUUCAUCCUCAAUUUACUUAUGUUUUUACGGUUUUGUUAAUAACAACAAUCAAGUCUUAUCCGACUGAGUAAGAUCAACUAUAUAGAUCAAAUUACCCCAUAAUAGGUUAUCAUAAACGUGGGUUUGUUAAGUUCAAUGAAAAUAUUCAUGUAGUAACUGAUAUUAUUAGUUAACUUUUUGAUAGGGAUUAACACAAGCUUGCAAAAAAACCAGUAAAGCUCUUGAUGAAGUUUUGGAGAUGAUAAUAACAGAGCAUGAACAAACUACUAAUACAGACGAUCCUAAAGAUUUUGUAGACACAGUUCUUUCAAUUAUGCACCAAACCAUUGAUGUUGAGGGUGGACAAGAUCUCGUCAUUGAUCGAACGAUCAUCAAGGCUAUUUUGCUCGACAUGAUAGGGGCAUCAAUUGAUACAUCUUCAAACGUGAUAGAGUGGGCUUUAUCUGAACUUUUAAGGCAUCCAAGAGUGAUGAAAAUUCUUCAAGAUGAAAUACAAAAUGAAGUAGGAAAUAAGAGAAUGGUUGAAGAAAAGGAUUUGAAGAAUUUUAAUUACCUAGAUAUGGUGGUUGAUGAAACCUUAAGACUUUAUCCUGUUGCACCUUUAUUAAUCCCUCGUGAAUGUAGAGAGAACAUAACAAUUGAUGAUUAUUCUAUAAAAGAAAAGACACGAGUUAUAGUAAAUGCAUGGGCAAUUGGGAGAGAUCCUGAUGUUUGGUCAGAAAAUGCUGAAGAAUUUUACCCAGAGAGAUUUAUUGAGAAAAAAAUGAAUUAUCUCGGACAAGAGUUUGAAUCUAUACCAUUUGGUUCUGGUCGUAGACGUUGUCCUGGAAUUCAAUUGGGUAUGAUUACGGUUAAGUUGGUUAUAGCUCAAUUCGUGCAUUGCUUUAACUGGGAACUUCCACAUAAUAUUAGUCCUUCCAAUUUGAAUAUGGAGGAGAAAUUUGGACUCACUAUACCAAGAGCUCAGCAUUUGCACGCAAUACCAAGUUAUCGUUUGGAUGAUGCUAAGCUUGAAUAGUUCCAAGAAUAAUUACUAUGUUCGUGUUCAUCAAGUAUAUAAUUGGUAAAGAUGCUUAGGAGGUCUAUUAAUGAUGUUUUAAUGUAUAUUGCUUGUUCUUUAUAUAUGUUUGAUAGCCAACAUUUGAGUCUUCAUUGGGACAUGGAGGUCAAUAAAAUCACAUACCUUCAUGAUCAAUGGUAUGGUGCAAGUCUAUAGUACAAAUCUCCUUCAUCUCUACCCUAUCUCUUUCUUUUACUCAGUAUUUGUUUCAAUUCUCUGUUAUUAUUAUUACUAGGGUUGUUCGCGGUGCGGUUUGGUUCGGUUUCAAGCAUAAUAAUAAUCCAAACCGCGAGAGAAAAAAGCAUGCGGUUUGGUUUGGUUCGGUUGUUUUUUAAAAAGUCAUCCAAACCAAACCAAUGCGGUUUGGAUUGGUUCAGUUGAUGCGGUUAAUCACGAGAUAAAUAAAAAAAUUACAUUAACUUAAUAUUGCCAACUAGUACCAAGCAAUUUUAAUUAUUCAAAAAAAGAAUUUGAAGUUCCAAAAUAGCAUUACAAUACCAAUAAAAGUUAUUUAUCUAAAAUAACAUUACAGAACCAAAAUAAUAGCUGGAUAGUGUUGGGCUUGGACUUGGGUUCACUUUGGUAUUGGGCUAGUACAAUACUUACUUAGUUUAAUAACAUUGAGUAUUUUUGCGGUUUGGUUUGGUUUGGUUCGGUUGCUGAGAUGUAAACCGCAAACCGAACCGAACCGCGCGGUUCAGUCUAAAAAUCAUCCGAACUCAUCCGAACCAAGUGCGGUUUUUUGCGGUUUCAGUUUGGGUUGGUUCGGUUUGCGGUUUUUCUAUUGGGUUGGUUCGGUUUUGAACACCCCUAAUUAUUACUGAUUUUAAAAUUGGUAUGGCACACUUUAGAAAUGAGGUAGACCUGAAGUUCUAAAGUUUUUUUAACACAACAUAUCACACAUGACAACUUAAUAACUAGAAUACUGCUCCAUUAAGAUUGGAGAACAACAUAUAAAAGAUGUAAAUACUUAUUAUUCCUCUAUGGUUUUCCACAAUGUACAUGUAUAAUAUACUGCACAUUAACUAUUAUUUGAUUCAAAAAGUAUUAAAGUAUGUUUAUAUUUUUAUUUGUAUUAUGUAUUGAUAUCAAAAUAAUGAAUAUCAUUCAAAAAAAAAAAAAAAAUCAAAAUAAUGAAUAUGGGUGGCAUUUAGGGUGGGAAGGGGAAAGAUUUUCCCACCAUAGGUCAGUUGACAUUUUACCGUUAAAUUAAAAAGGAAUACUGAUUUUAUUAUGGACUGUCUACACCCUAUCUUUUCCCACCCACCUUUCUCUCUCCUCCUUGCUCUCCACCACCCGCAACAUCACCUACAGCCACUAUCACCACCGGUUCCUUCCAUUCUCGUCCAAAGCAAGCUUCAGAUCCGACGCACCUAGCUCAAUCUCUCUUUUCCAGUUUCUCUUAAUCAUUCAAUCGCCCCAUUUAUAUCCCCCCUUCGUAAAAAAUUCCAUGAUGUGAUAAUCCAAAUAUGGGCUAUAAUAUUACUGUAAUAUUUAUUGUUUGCUACUUAAUUUUAGUUCAAUGGGUCACUACAUAUAUAUUAAUUAUCGAUUCUUACAGGUUUGAUUGAAGCCUAUGAAGAUUGAUUUUUAACUUUUUUUAGAUUGCAACUCAUGAAGAUUGAUUUUGAUAAUUGGUUCCAUAAAAAGCAUGUUUCUUAAUUGUAAGCACGUGAAGAUUUUUGGGUUGUAGUUUCAUGGUGGCUGGUGGUGGUGGGUGAGUGGGGGUAUGGAGGAGAGAGAAGAAUGGUGAGGUGAGUGAGGUUGGAGACAGAUUGAAAAAAUAUAGUGUGGGUAGACCAUAGUAUGAUUAGUGUUCCUAUUUGAUCUAAUGGUCAAAAUCAACUUUUUUAUGGUAGGAAACUCUUUCCCUUACCCACCCUAAAUGCCACCAUGAAUAUGAGAGAGUUUUGUGUAACUUUUUUGCAUGUGUUGUUUUCUGACUCUAGAUUUGGAUAACAAAACAAUCAAGUCUUUUGUUCUCUUUCUCUAUUAUAGAUCUACUUUCUCUCUCUCUCUAUGAUUCCCGUGCUAUACUAGAUCUGACAACUGAACUCUUGCGACUCAAUAAUUUCUUUCUUCAAUAUGAACUUUAAGACCAAAUUUAGUUUCUAAAUCUUAAAAAAUUUAAUCAUAAACAAUAACAUUUUAGUACAUAAAUUAAUUUCCAAAACCUGAUCUUUCUCCUGUAGACCAAAUAUAUUGUCUAUCCUGUUUCAUGUUUGUAAAUUGUAACAAGUUAAUUUUUUUUUUUUUAAGUUGUAACAUUCUAGUCAAAUACCUCACUGGAUCUUCUAAGUUUUACGUUUGUUUCAGAUAGGUCCUUUAAGUUUUUAAGGUUUUAGAUAUGUCAUUUAAGUUUCGAGUUUGUUUCAGAUAUGUCUUUUAAGUUUCUAAGGUUUCAGAUAGGUCCUUUAAAUUUCGAAUUUAUUUCAGAUAGAUCAUUUCUAUCGAAUCAACUUUAAAAAAUUAACUUAUUAUAAACAACCAACUUAAAAAUCGCUAGAAGUAUUUGACCUUUCCAUAACCAAAAUCUAAAAAACAAAUGUGGUAUUUUUCCUAUAAGACCACUUUCAAAAUCACUCAUGCUGCUGUAUUACUCGAGAUAAGAUUUAAAUUGCAAAUGUAAAUAUUAAAAAGAGGGUUAAUUAAAUUUUUAGUCCCUUUUUUUUUUUUAAAAAAAAAAAAGAAUUUUUAGUCUCUAUAAAUAUUCACAGUUUUGUUUUUAGUCUAUACAAAAUAAAAUCACACUUUUUAGUCAAUGUGACAUUUUAAGGACUAAAAAUGCUGAUGAAAUUUUUUUAUAUAGACGAAAAAUGCUAAUGAAAAAUUUUAUAGAGACUAAAAAUAUUGAUGGAAAAUUUUAUAGGGACUAAAAAAUGUGAUUUUACUUUGUAGGGACUAAAAACAAAAUUAUGAAUAUUUAUAAGGACCAUUUACUUAUUAACCCUUAAAAAGAUGAAUGUUAUUUGAACAACCGUUUGGUUGACAACUUUUGGAACAACUAUAAUUUACAAAGAAAAAGUAGGUAUGUGAACGAAAACCAUAGUAGAAAGAUAAAGUAAAGAAUAACGUAAGUAUGAUUGAGAAAGUUGUCAAAAAAAUUAUUAAAAAAUGGAUGUUCUAAUAUCAUUCCUCUAUUAAAAAACGUUACUAUUUGAUCACAUUAUUAGUAAGUUAUCUUGCUCAGCUAGUAAAUUAUUAUACCGAUGGAGUUUUCACGGUGAAUCAAAUUACACAGUGCUUUGAAAACGAGGAGGAUAACAUCCUUCUUUUACUUUUUAAAUUGACAAGCAUGCACAACGAGAUGGAUAAAAGAAUAUUAAAAUAAUGGUAAAUCAUAUCCAACGUGUGCAUGUACAUUGUCGGUUGUAACAAAUCGACGUUCAUAAAAUGUACGUGCAUAGUUGAUCAUUUAAAAAAAAAAAAAUAUUUGAAUGAUGUUUUUCAUAUUUGCAAUUAGGUGUCAUUUAAAAAUUAGUUCAUAUAAUUGCUAAUCCUGACAAUUUACAUUUGCAUUAUUUAAUCAUUUAAAAUUUUAUCUUUUGACCAACUUAAUCACAAAUUAGCAAAAUGAUACGGAAAUGGACAAAUAUACCCUCGUCGUUAUUAUGAGAAGAAGACUAAGACAAGGGUAGAAAUACAUAAAUAUCUCCAUAAAUAUCUCACUAGCUAGAUAUACAAACCAAACACGUACACCACCGGUUUCAAGAUAAUCUGAGAUUAACUUGGAGUUCUAUAUAGUCUUCAACCUUGUUACGUACUUCAGCCAAACCAAAGCAUUCAUUGUAGACAUGUCUUUUGCACUAACAACAACAAUGUUUGCUUUUCUUCUCUUCACUUUCAUGUACUUUCUAUUCAAACUCUACUUACAUCCAAAACAAAAAACCCUAAACCAUAAAAAACCACCAGGUCCAUCAACACUACCAAUAAUUGGAAAUCUUCACAUAUUAGGCAAACUUCCACAUAGAACACUUCAAUCACUCUCCAAAAAAUAUGGUCCAAUCAUGUCCUUACAACUUGGUCAAGUUCCAACUAUUAUCAUUUCAUCUUCAAAAGCUGCAGAAUCAUUCCUCAAAACUCAUGACAUCGUUUUUGCAAGUCGACCAAAGGUUCAAGGAUCAGAUCUCAUGUCUUAUGGUUCCAAAGGGAUGGCUUUUUCUGAGUAUGGUCCUUAUUGGCGUAGUGUGAGGAAAUUUUGCACUUUGAAACUUUUUAGUGCUUCAAAAGUUGAGAUGUUUGGUCCUAUUAGGAAGGAGAAGUUGGAUGUUUUGGUUAUAUCUUUGGAGAAAGCUGCCUUGGAGGGUGAGGUUGUGAAUGUUAGUGAGGUUGUAGAGAAUCUUAUUGAGGAUAUUGUGUAUAAGAUGAUGUUUGGUCGGAGUAAGUAUGAGCAAUUUGACAUGAAUAAGUUAGUUCUAGAAGCAAUGGCUUUGAUGGGAGCUUUUAAUCUGGCUGAUUAUGUACCUUGGCUAGGCGUUUUUGACCUUCAGGUACGUCUUGACAAUUUCAUAUUAAAAAUUCUAAUUAAUUUUAUGAGAUUAUUUGAUUAUAUGGAAAAGAGGUUAACAUUGGCGCAACUGAUAAAUUUGUUGUCAUGUGACUGAAAGGUCAUAGAUUCAAGUCCGGAAAACAACCUCUUAUAUAAACAACAGGGUAAGGCUGUGUACAUUACACUAAAUGGUGGGACCCCUUCCCGGGGCCUAUGUAUGCGGGAGCUUUAGUGCACCGGGUUGCCUUUUAUUUGAUGAUAUGGAAAAAAGAAAAAUAUUUAUAGUUUAUUGAUAUUUAAUUGGUGGUUAAGACUUGAGAGUAUCUUUGUGUUGAUUUUUUAUAAUUUUUAUAAAGAUGUAUCUUUGUGUUGAUAUCGCUAUAUAAGAAAGAAAAAGAUUGAAUAUUGUGCGUUGUGUUUGAAUGGAGGGUUUAAGAAGAAAAGGGAGGAGAAGAUUUACUUUUUUUUUUUUUUUAAAUUAGUAACACUAAAAUGUUUUUCAAAAAUUGAAAUAACAUGUGAUUUUUCCUCUAUGGCAAUAAAUUGGGUUACCUGAUUUUAUUUCAAUUGCCCUUCACUUUUAAUUAAACUUCUUCAGAUUCUUUCUCAUGUAACCAAAAUAAAUAGAUAGUAAAUAAAUAAAUCAGCUAUCGAUUUCAUACUCAAUUUACAUAUGCUUUUGUUAAGUUCAGUGAAAAUAUUCAUGUAGUAGCUGAUAUCAAUUAUAAGUUUAAUUUUUUGUUAGGGAUUAACACGAGCUUGCAAAAAAACCAGUAAAGCCCUCGAUGAGGUUUUGGAGAUGAUAAUAACAGAGCACGAACAGACUACUAAUACUGACAAAACUCGUAAUGAAGACUUUGUAGACAUACUUCUUUCAAUUAUGCACCAAACCAUUGAUGUCGAGGGUGAACAAAAUCUCGUCAUUGAUCGAACUAACAUCAAGGCUAUUUUGCUCGACAUGAUAGCGGCAUCAGUUCAUACAUCUGCUACCACGAUUGAGUGGGCUUUAUCUGAACUUCUAAGGCAUUCAAGAGUGAUGAAAAUUCUUCAAGAUGAGAUACAAAAUGAAGUAGGAAAUAAAAGAAUGGUUGAAGAGAAGGAUCUGAAGAAGUUUAAUUACUUAGAUAUGGUUGUUGAUGAAACCUUAAGACUUUAUCCUGUUGGACCCUUAUUAAUCCCUCGUGAAUGUAGAGAGAGCAUAACAAUUGAUGGAUAUUUUAUAACGAAAAAGACUCGAGUUAUAGUAAAUGCAUGGGCUAUUGGGAGAGAUUGUAACGUUUGGUCAGAAAAUGCUGAUGAAUUUUACCCAGAGAGAUUUAUUGACAAGAAAAUGAAUUAUCAAGGACAUGAGUUUGAAUCUAUACCAUUUGGUUCUGGUCGUAGGCGUUGUCCUGGAAUUCAAUUGGGUUUAAUUAUCGUUAAGUUGGUUAUAGCUCAAUUUGUGCAUUGCUUUAACUGGGAACUUCCACAUAAUAUUAGUCCUUCCAAUUUGAAUAUGGAGGAGAAAUUUGGACUCUCUAUACCAAGAGCUCAGCAUUUGCAGGCAAUACCGAGUUAUCGUUUGGAUGAUGCUAAGCAUGAAUAGUUACAAGAAUAAUACUAUGUUCUUGUUCAACAAGUUUCUACUAGUAAUAAAGAUGCUAAGUAUGGCAGGUCUAUUAAUGAUGUUUUAAUGCAUAUUGCUUGUUCUUUAUAUAUGUUCAUAGCCAACAUUUGAGUCUCCAUUGGGACAUGGAGGUCAAUAAAAUGAAUAAUACAAGCAUAUCACAUGCCUUCAUGAUCAAUGGUAUGGUGCAAAGUAUUUUACUCAAAGUAUUUGUUUCAAUUCUGUUUUAUCAUUAUUAUUAUUAUUACUGAAUUUAAAAUUGGUAUGGGACAUAUGGUGUGUUUGGAUUCACGGCCAAAACACCUUUUCCACGUCCCGAGGUAAUUUUUAACGUGAUUUAAAGAAGCUUCAAAAGGUAGCUUCUCUUCAAACGUGGGUUUUUAUCACUGAAUUGAUAAAUCAACCGCUUGCACAAACAUGCUAAUAUCAAUUCUAGAAAUGAGGUAGACCUUCAAAUUCUAAAGCUUUUUUAACACAACAUAUCACACAUGACAACAAAACUAGAAUGUUACUAUGGAGAUUGUAGAACGACAAAUAAGAUGAAGUUAAUCAAAGAAACAGAGAUACAAACCUUAACUCAGCUAAUGAUAAAUUUUUAAAAUUGAUGGAGUUUUUUAUGGUGAAUCAAACUAUUCAGUACUAUGAAAACACUACUUCCAAUAUUUCCUCUAAUCAAAUUAUUUAUUUGUUCCUCUAAUUUCUAGAAUUUUAGGCAUCCCUUAUGUUAUAAUUGCAUGAAAAUCUGUAUUUAUACUUUCACAACCUAAAAGUUGUCUUGAACUAACAAAUCCAAAUAAAAUUUUGGGGAAAUGGAUUUCCUCCUGUGAAAAUCUCUCCAGUUUUCUGCAGUGAUACAAUCUGCACCAUUAAUUGUCUUCUCUUUUAUUUUCAACAUUUAAAAUUCUCAUAUACAUUAAUUUUUAAUGGACAAGAUUUCACUGGACUCUCGUGUGACCACCGGAGAGAUUCCAAACCCAAACUUUGGUAUCAUUACAAUAAGGUACUGGGCAUUAUUCUCUACUCAUGAUUAUUAUGAAAUUAAAAUUGAGACUAUUAUUAAUUCAAAUUUCUAAAAACAAUUACAAAGCAAGCAUAAACCAGUGAACUAAUUCUUCAUACCAUUGUGAACCUGAUGUCAUAGGUUGAAUUAGCACUCUAUGACAAAUUUAAGAAAAUCAGUUACAAGUUAGUUGAAAAUAGUGGACCGGAUUAUCACUUUAAUUAUUGGAAUAACUGAUCAUAUACAUAAACACUUGUAUGAUAAACACUUAUUCAAUAAGCAAUUAACUGAUAAUUUCUCUAAUUUCUUCACUCCUAAUUUAUUCAUAUGUUGGCUAUUAACAUAUAAUAAAAACUAGCAAUACUCAUUAACUUAUUCUAUUCAAGCACCAUUAGACCAACUUAUAACAUCUUUACUAGUAAUAAACUUGUUGAAUACAAGCAUAAUAAUGUCCUUUAUGGACCUAUUCAAGCUUCUCAUCACAUUCCAAACGAUAACUCGGUAUUGCGUGCAAAUGUUGAGCCCUUGGUAUAGUGACUCCAAAUUUCUCUUCCAUAUUCAAAUUGGAAGGGCUAAUAUUAUGUGGAAGUUCCCAAUUAAAGCAAUGCACCAAUUGAGCUACAACAAAUCUAACCGUAACCAAACCCAAUUGAAUCCCAGGACAACGUCUACGACCUGAACCAAAUGGUAUAGAUUCAAAUUGCUGUCCUUGAUAAUUCAUUUUCUUAUCACUAAAUCUCUCUGGAUAAAACUCAUCAGCGUUUUCUAACCAAAUAUUUGAAUCUCUCCCUAUAGCCCAUGCAUUUACUAUAACUCGUGUCUUUUCCUUUAUAAAAUAUCCAUCAAUUGUUAUGCUUUCUCUACAUUCACGAGGAAGUAAUAAGGGUCCAACAGGGUAAAGUCUUAAUGUCUCAUCAACCACCAUAUCUAAGUAAUUCAACUUCUUCAAAUCAUUCUCUUCGACCAUUCUUUUAUUUCCUACUUCAUUUUGUAUCUCAUCUUGAAGCUUUUUCAUCACUCUUGGAUGUCUGAAAAGUUCAGAUAAAGCCCACUCAAUCGUGGUAGUGGCUGUAUCAAUUCCUGCCACAAUCAUGUCUAGUAAAAUUGCCUUGAUGUUAGUUCUGUCAAUAACACCACUUUGUUCAUUUUCUGGAUCUACCGUUUGGUGCACAAUUGAGAGAAGUAUAUCAAUGAAAUCUUCAUGACGAACUUUGUCUACAUUAGUGCUUUGUUCAUGCUCUGUAAUUAUCAUCUCCAAUACCUCAUCAAGUGCUUUACCGGUUUUCUUGCAGGUUCGUGUAAAUCCCUAGCAAAGUGUUAAAUUAAGAAUGACAAUUACUAAUUGGAUAUUUUUACAUACCUUACUGGAACAAUAAAAAAAUGAAGAAAUAAUCAUUUUAGUCUCUGACUUUGCACCUCACUGUUACAAUAAUCUUGACUUAUGAUAAAAUGCAAAAUGGUCCCCGGAUGUUUACCUCCGUUGGUUAGUUUAGUGCUUGACGUUAAAAUUGACCGUUAAAUGCCGACAAGGAUGUGUAACAUGGAUCUAGAGACUAAAGUGAAAGUCAACACACAAAUCCUCAAAUCCCUCCAUUUUCUGUCACUUUAUGUAGUCCAUUAUUUUUACUCAAAUUUAGAAUUAAUUAAGGGACAUGGUCGUCAUGACAUUGAUUUUCUAAGAUUUACAUAGUGGGACCAAAAAUAAAAAAUAAAAAAUAUAAAAAGUGUUUGCCAAAAAAAAAAGUAAACUCAUAAACUCGAUCUAAUUUACCGAAUUUAACAUGUGUUAACUUGGUCAAACUUGUCAAACAUUCAAUUUCACCAAAAAUCAAAUUUACCUCCGAUUUGCCAGAAAUAAUAAUAAAAUAAAAAAUAUAGUGGCUUGCGGGAAUCGAAGGAGGAAAAGCAGGUAUAACCUCCGAAAAGUCACUCUCAAAGCUCAUUUUUUUAUCUUAUUUUCAAAGUCACUUUUGUUGGAUUUCCUUCUUUACAAAAAAGUCACUUCUAUUAUUAAGAGCUUUAUCAAAAUUAUGUUUGGCCCCACUUCUCUUUAGAAGUAAAAGAUAAGUGGCAAAUAAGCAGGGCCAAACAUGCUCUUAACAUAUUUUUGACACAUAAAAACGUAAAUUUGUACGAGUUGUACGAGGUUACAAGUUAACGCAGGAUUUGUGGAACACCUUAGAACAUAAAUUUAAACUUGCAAUGUCUAGUUUCUUCACAUACGUAUAUAUUUGAAAGAAGAAAAAAAAGACGGUAACCCUAGUGUUAUUGUGUCCUAGUGUUAUUGUGUUGUUCAAUUACAUGAUCCUCUUUUUUUUUCUUCCCUAUUUUCUCCCUUGUAAUACUAAAAUAUUGAAGGACCCCUCAAUUAAUACAUAAGAGGAAAAAACAUGAAGGACCCAAAACUGUGCAAUAUAAUAAAGUGACCAAUGAAAAAUGUACAGCUACGAUACUUAAGAGACUUAAAAUAAAAUCAAGUCAAUAGGUAACUAAUUUCUUCAACUUUUACACACAUACCUGAAGAUCAAAAGGACCUAACCAAGAAACAUAAUCAGCCAGAUUAAAAGCUCCAAGCAUAGCCAUUCCUUCUUGAACCAACUUCUUUAAAUCAAAUUGCUCAUACUUACCCCUACCCAAUAUCAUCUUAUACACAAUAUCUUCAAUAAGAUUCUCUACAAUCUCACUAACAUUCACAACCUCACCUACCAAAACAACUUUCUCUAAUGACUUAACCAAAACAUCCAACUCCUUCUUCCUAAUAGGACCAAACAUCUCAACUUUUGAAGCACUAAGAAGUUUCAAAGUGCAAAGUUUCUUUACACUACGCCAAUAAGGACCAUACUCAGAAAAAGCCAACCCUUUGGAACCAUAAAAAAUGAGCUGAGAUGCUUGAGUCUUUGGCCGACUUGCAAAAUUGAUGUCAUGAGUUUUGAGGAAUGAUUCUGCAGCUUUUGAAGAUGAAAUAACAAUUGUUGGAACUUGACCAAGUUGUAAGGACAUGAUUGAACCAUAUUUUUUGGACAGUGAUUGAAGUGUUCUAUGUGGAAGUUUACCUAACAUGUGAAGGUUUCCUAUUAUUGGUAGUGUUGGUGGACCUGGUGGUUUUUUAUGAUUUAUGGUGUUUUGUUUUUCACGUAAGUAGAAUUUGAAUAAAAGGUAUGUGAAAGUGAAGAGAAUGAAAGGAAUUAUUAUUGUUGUUGAAAACAUGUUUACAGUGAAUUCUUUGGAUCUAAGUUCUAAGGAUGAGAACUAUAAAGAAUUAUUAGUGUUGCUUGAUUGAGGAUUUGAAGAUGGUGCAGCCGUGCAAGUGAUAGAAUAAUUAUUAGUUAAAUAAAGGUGGAAACAAAUAAUUUUGAUUUGUUUAAUUGGUAUCGCUUUCCGUUAACAAAAACUUACAUAUAAGUUGAAUCAUGUUUUACAAUAUAUAUAUUAUAUUAUGUAGGAGAAGAUUUAUGAAUUCUUUUUUUAGGGGAUUUUCAUGAAUUCUUUUAAAAUAUAUUUACAGUAAACUAAUAUAAUAAAAUGACGUGAUGGUAAAAUAUGAUUUAUUUUUUGUGGUGGUCGAGGUUUGACUCAAACCUUGCAUAUAUUAUACAUUGUUUCUAUCAACUGAGCUAAGCUCAAGAAGAUAUGAUAAAAUAUGAUUAUGUUAAUUGAAGUAUUUUUCUCCUUAAUAGAAAGUAUUUUUAAAUGACAAAUAUCAAUCCUUCAAAGAAAAUGACAAAUAUCAAAUAUGUUAAUUGGCUUAAAUGCUCUUUUGGUCCCUUAACUAUUUAAUUGGUAUCGCUUUGGUCCCUUAACUAAAAAAAAGAUUGUUUGAGGACUUUAAGUUUUUUUUUAGUCUCGUUUUGGUCCCUUCUGUUAGGUUUCCGUUAGGGUUUUAAAAAAAGUUAACUCUUGGACACUNNNNNNNNNNNNNNNNNNNNNNNNNNNNNNNNNNNNNNNNNNNNNNNNNNNNNNNNNNNNNNNNNNNNNNNNNNNNNNNNNNNNNNNNNNNNNNNNNNNNNNNNNNNNNNNNNNNNNNNNNNNNNNNNNNNNNNNNNNNNNNNNNNNNNNNNNNNNNNNNNNNNNNNNNNNNNNNNNNNNNNNNNNNNNNNNNNNNNNNNNNNNNNNNNNNNNNNNNNNNNNNNNNNNNNNNNNNNNNNNNNNNNNNNNNNNNNNNNNNNNNNNNNNNNNNNNNNNNNNNNNNNNNNNNNNNNNNNNNNNNNNNNNNNNNNNNNNNNNNNNNNNNNNNNNNNNNNNNNNNNNNNNNNNNNNNNNNNNNNNNNNNNNNNNNNNNNNNNNNNNNNNNNNNNNNNNNNNNNNNNNNNNNNNNNNNNNNNNNNNNNNNNNNNNNNNNNNNNNNNNNNNNNNNNNNNNNNNNNNNNNNNNNNNNNNNNNNNNNNNNNNNNNNNNNNNNNNNNNNNNNNNNNNNNNNNNNNNNNNNNNNNNNNNNNNNNNNNNNNNNNNNNNNNNNNNNNNNNNNNNNNNNNNNNNNNNNNNNNNNNNNNNNNNNNNNNNNNNNNNNNNNNNNNNNNNNNNNNNNNNNNNNNNNNNNNNNNNNNNNNNNNNNNNNNNNNNNNNNNNNNNNNNNNNNNNNNNNNNNNNNNNNNNNNNNNNNNNNNNNNNNNNNNNNNNNNNNNNNNNNNNNNNNNNNNNNNNNNNNNNNNNNNNNNNNNNNNNNNNNNNNNNNNNNNNNNNNNNNNNNNNNNNNNNNNNNNNNNNNNNNNNNNNNNNNNNNNNNNNNNNNNNNNNNNNNNNNNNNNNNNNNNNNNNNNNNNNNNNNNNNNNNNNNNNNNNNNNNNNNNNNNNNNNNNNNNNNNNNNNNNNNNNNNNNNNNNNNNNNNNNNNNNNNNNNNNNNNNNNNNNNNNNNNNNNNNNNNNNNNNNNNNNNNNNNNNNNNNNNNNNNNNNNNNNNNNNNNNNNNNNNNNNNNNNNNNNNNNNNNNNNNNNNNNNNNNNNNNNNNNNNNNNNNNNNNNNNNNNNNNNNNNNNNNNNNNNNNNNNNNNNNNNNNNNNNNNNNNNNNNNNNNNNNNNNNNNNNNNNNNNNNNNNNNNNNNNNNNNNNNNNNNNNNNNNNNNNNNNNNNNNNNNNNNNNNNNNNNNNNNNNNNNNNNNNNNNNNNNNNNNNNNNNNNNNNNNNNNNNNNNNNNNNNNNNNNNNNNNNNNNNNNNNNNNNNNNNNNNNNNNNNNNNNNNNNNNNNNNNNNNNNNNNNNNNNNNNNNNNNNNNNNNNNNNNNNNNNNNNNNNNNNNNNNNNNNNNNNNNNNNNNNNNNNNNNNNNNNNNNNNNNNNNNNNNNNNNNNNNNNNNNNNNNNNNNNNNNNNNNNNNNNNNNNNNNNNNNNNNNNNNNNNNNNNNNNNNNNNNNNNNNNNNNNNNNNNNNNNNNNNNNNNNNNNNNNNNNNNNNNNNNNNNNNNNNNNNNNNNNNNNNNNNNNNNNNNNNNNNNNNNNNNNNNNNNNNNNNNNNNNNNNNNNNNNNNNNNNNNNNNNNNNNNNNNNNNNNNNNNNNNNNNNNNNNNNNNNNNNNNNNNNNNNNNNNNNNNNNNNNNNNNNNNNNNNNNNNNNNNNNNNNNNNNNNNNNNNNNNNNNNNNNNNNNNNNNNNNNNNNNNNNNNNNNNNNNNNNNNNNNNNNNNNNNNNNNNNNNNNNNNNNNNNNNNNNNNNNNNNNNNNNNNNNNNNNNNNNNNNNNNNNNNNNNNNNNNNNNNNNNNNNNNNNNNNNNNNNNNNNNNNNNNNNNNNNNNNNNNNNNNNNNNNNNNNNNNNNNNNNNNNNNNNNNNNNNNNNNNNNNNNNNNNNNNNNNNNNNNNNNNNNNNNNNNNNNNNNNNNNNNNNNNNNNNNNNNNNNNNNNNNNNNNNNNNNNNNNNNNNNNNNNNNNNNNNNNNNNNNNNNNNNNNNNNNNNNNNNNNNNNNNNNNNNNNNNNNNNNNNNNNNNNNNNNNNNNNNNNNNNNNNNNNNNNNNNNNNNNNNNNNNNNNNNNNNNNNNNNNNNNNNNNNNNNNNNNNNNNNNNNNNNNNNNNNNNNNNNNNNNNNNNNNNNNNNNNNNNNNNNNNNNNNNNNNNNNNNNNNNNNNNNNNNNNNNNNNNNNNNNNNNNNNNNNNNNNNNNNNNNNNNNNNNNNNNNNNNNNNNNNNNNNNNNNNNNNNNNNNNNNNNNNNNNNNNNNNNNNNNNNNNNNNNNNNNNNNNNNNNNNNNNNNNNNNNNNNNNNNNNNNNNNNNNNNNNNNNNNNNNNNNNNNNNNNNNNNNNNNNNNNNNNNNNNNNNNNNNNNNNNNNNNNNNNNNNNNNNNNNNNNNNNNNNNNNNNNNNNNNNNNNNNNNNNNNNNNNNNNNNNNNNNNNNNNNNNNNNNNNNNNNNNNNNNNNNNNNNNNNNNNNNNNNNNNNNNNNNNNNNNNNNNNNNNNNNNNNNNNNNNNNNNNNNNNNNNNNNNNNNNNNNNNNNNNNNNNNNNNNNNNNNNNNNNNNNNNNNNNNNNNNNNNNNNNNNNNNNNNNNNNNNNNNNNNNNNNNNNNNNNNNNNNNNNNNNNNNNNNNNNNNNNNNNNNNNNNNNNNNNNNNNNNNNNNNNNNNNNNNNNNNNNNNNNNNNNNNNNNNNNNNNNNNNNNNNNNNNNNNNNNNNNNNNNNNNNNNNNNNNNNNNNNNNNNNNNNNNNNNNNNNNNNNNNNNNNNNNNNNNNNNNNNNNNNNNNNNNNNNNNNNNNNNNNNNNNNNNNNNNNNNNNNNNNNNNNNNNNNNNNNNNNNNNNNNNNNNNNNNNNNNNNNNNNNNNNNNNNNNNNNNNNNNNNNNNNNNNNNNNNNNNNNNNNNNNNNNNNNNNNNNNNNNNNNNNNNNNNNNNNNNNNNNNNNNNNNNNNNNNNNNNNNNNNNNNNNNNNNNNNNNNNNNNNNNNNNNNNNNNNNNNNNNNNNNNNNNNNNNNNNNNNNNNNNNNNNNNNNNNNNNNNNNNNNNNNNNNNNNNNNNNNNNNNNNNNNNNNNNNNNNNNNNNNNNNNNNNNNNNNNNNNNNNNNNNNNNNNNNNNNNNNNNNNNNNNNNNNNNNNNNNNNNNNNNNNNNNNNNNNNNNNNNNNNNNNNNNNNNNNNNNNNNNNNNNNNNNNNNNNNNNNNNNNNNNNNNNNNNNNNNNNNNNNNNNNNNNNNNNNNNNNNNNNNNNNNNNNNNNNNNNNNNNNNNNNNNNNNNNNNNNNNNNNNNNNNNNNNNNNNNNNNNNNNNNNNNNNNNNNNNNNNNNNNNNNNNNNNNNNNNNNNNNNNNNNNNNNNNNNNNNNNNNNNNNNNNNNNNNNNNNNNNNNNNNNNNNNNNNNNNNNNNNNNNNNNNNNNNNNNNNNNNNNNNNNNNNNNNNNNNNNNNNNNNNNNNNNNNNNNNNNNNNNNNNNNNNNNNNNNNNNNNNNNNNNNNNNNNNNNNNNNNNNNNNNNNNNNNNNNNNNNNNNNNNNNNNNNNNNNNNNNNNNNNNNNNNNNNNNNNNNNNNNNNNNNNNNNNNNNNNNNNNNNNNNNNNNNNNNNNNNNNNNNNNNNNNNNNNNNNNNNNNNNNNNNNNNNNNNNNNNNNNNNNNNNNNNNNNNNNNNNNNNNNNNNNNNNNNNNNNNNNNNNNNNNNNNNNNNNNNNNNNNNNNNNNNNNNNNNNNNNNNNNNNNNNNNNNNNNNNNNNNNNNNNNNNNNNNNNNNNNNNNNNNNNNNNNNNNNNNNNNNNNNNNNNNNNNNNNNNNNNNNNNNNNNNNNNNNNNNNNNNNNNNNNNNNNNNNNNNNNNNNNNNNNNNNNNNNNNNNNNNNNNNNNNNNNNNNNNNNNNNNNNNNNNNNNNNNNNNNNNNNNNNNNNNNNNNNNNNNNNNNNNNNNNNNNNNNNNNNNNNNNNNNNNNNNNNNNNNNNNNNNNNNNNNNNNNNNNNNNNNNNNNNNNNNNNNNNNNNNNNNNNNNNNNNNNNNNNNNNNNNNNNNNNNNNNNNNNNNNNNNNNNNNNNNNNNNNNNNNNNNNNNNNNNNNNNNNNNNNNNNNNNNNNNNNNNNNNNNNNNNNNNNNNNNNNNNNNNNNNNNNNNNNNNNNNNNNNNNNNNNNNNNNNNNNNNNNNNNNNNNNNNNNNNNNNNNNNNNNNNNNNNNNNNNNNNNNNNNNNNNNNNNNNNNNNNNNNNNNNNNNNNNNNNNNNNNNNNNNNNNNNNNNNNNNNNNNNNNNNNNNNNNNNNNNNNNNNNNNNNNNNNNNNNNNNNNNNNNNNNNNNNNNNNNNNNNNNNNNNNNNNNNNNNNNNNNNNNNNNNNNNNNNNNNNNNNNNNNNNNNNNNNNNNNNNNNNNNNNNNNNNNNNNNNNNNNNNNNNNNNNNNNNNNNNNNNNNNNNNNNNNNNNNNNNNNNNNNNNNNNNNNNNNNNNNNNNNNNNNNNNNNNNNNNNNNNNNNNNNNNNNNNNNNNNNNNNNNNNNNNNNNNNNNNNNNNNNNNNNNNNNNNNNNNNNNNNNNNNNNNNNNNNNNNNNNNNNNNNNNNNNNNNNNNNNNNNNNNNNNNNNNNNNNNNNNNNNNNNNNNNNNNNNNNNNNNNNNNNNNNNNNNNNNNNNNNNNNNNNNNNNNNNNNNNNNNNNNNNNNNNNNNNNNNNNNNNNNNNNNNNNNNNNNNNNNNNNNNNNNNNNNNNNNNNNNNNNNNNNNNNNNNNNNNNNNNNNNNNNNNNNNNNNNNNNNNNNNNNNNNNNNNNNNNNNNNNNNNNNNNNNNNNNNNNNNNNNNNNNNNNNNNNNNNNNNNNNNNNNNNNNNNNNNNNNNNNNNNNNNNNNNNNNNNNNNNNNNNNNNNNNNNNNNNNNNNNNNNNNNNNNNNNNNNNNNNNNNNNNNNNNNNNNNNNNNNNNNNNNNNNNNNNNNNNNNNNNNNNNNNNNNNNNNNNNNNNNNNNNNNNNNNNNNNNNNNNNNNNNNNNNNNNNNNNNNNNNNNNNNNNNNNNNNNNNNNNNNNNNNNNNNNNNNNNAUUGCAUACUCAUUUCUGCACUUAGAUAACUUCUGAUUCAGGUUGGUAUUCACUUUGUUGCCAUUCAUUUCAAAUUUGCAUGCAAAAAAAAAAAAAAAAAAAAAAAAAAAAAAAACCCUAGGGUAGUAGAUAGUGUAAUGUUCUUCAAACUGAUACCUACAUGACUCAGAUGAAACAUAAUCAUGCCCAAAUUCGUGGUUGUUCUGAUUCCAAUCCACAUUUUUGUUAACCCUUUUGUAAAAAUUAAAAAUAAAAUUAAAAUUAGGGUUUUUGUGGUAUAAUUCGACAUUCAACUCAAAAGCAUGAUUUAGUUCAUCUCUUUGUCAUUAUCAGGGUCGGAAUUACUAUAUUUAGGGUUAAGAAUGUUGAAACUGAAAGAAAUUUUGAAAAAGGGUCGAUUUUUGUCAUUUUCUGGGCAACUCGCCAUGGCGAGCUUCAUCAUUCGCCAAGGCGAGUGAGCAAUCUGAAACCCAGAAAAUUUCAACUACUCGCCAUGGCGAGUGCACCUGCUCGCGAGGCGAGUGGUAACAGAACAUGCAAUAUUUUUUGUUCCAUACUGAUAUUUAAUUGUCUGUUUGGUGUUUGUGGAAUUCCUGGUUGUGUUUGCAGGUAUGGCUCCAAAGAAACCCGUUAACACUGGUAAACGCAAGAAAGGAGAAACAUCCGCAACCCGACCCCCACCUAGAAACCAAGCCUUUGAGAGGGAGAGAUUUAGGUCUCGCUACCAUCAAGAUAGAUAUAUUGAACUGCUUGACCAAUCCAUGUGGUGUGAGAGGGUCUUUAACCUUAAUCCCGAGGGACCCUAUAAAGAAAUUGCCAAACUUUUACUCGAUCAAGGAUGGGAACGACUCCUUCAACCCAUAACAGAUAUUAAUGCCGAGUUAGUGCGUGAGUUUUAUGCCAAUGCCCUACCUGAAAAUCCACACACUGACCCAUUUACAUUCGAAACUUUUGUGAGGGGUCGAACUAUCCGGUUUGACCGUGAGGCAAUAAAUACAUACCUUGGCAACCCCUUUGAGUUAGCCUACCCAGACGACCUUGAUGACUUUCAUGAGAAGCAAAACCUUGGCCACUUUAUCCUCCCGGGCCCCCAUGAAGAAAUCAAACGAUUUCUCUUGUUGGGAGACUAUAACUAUGACAUCAGUGAUGCAGGGAGAGAGUAUCGGGCCCAAUACAAAUUCAUGACCAAUGAGGCCAAAAUUAUCCAAAAAUUCAUUCUUUAUAAUGUCAGGCCCAAUAGUCAUCUGUCUGAUUGUGUUGUCGAGGUGUGUCCUUUAAUCUACUACAUCCUCAAGGGGAUCAAGGUAGAUAUUGCCCGGACCAUUGCUUGGGAACUCCGAAUGGUCACCCUGCAAGGAAGAGGUGAAAGAGAAGCUCGUCUCUUUUUUCCCGGUUUAAUCAUGGGACUCAUUAAAGAUACCGGCAUGCGCCUACCAACCAGUGUCCAUGAGAAGAUCCGGAACCCGAUCAAUGAUGCUUUCAUCACCCGAUACAUUAUGGGUGAAACAAAGAAGGAUAAAAGCAAACAAGCAUCAUCUUCUGGGGCACCUCCACCACGACCUCAACCAUCAUCUGAACCACAACCCCACUUUCCACCACAUCUAGACCCACACACUGCUGCUUUUGACUUUUCAAGCUUCGCUCAAUGGCAAUACCAGUGCCAUACCCAUACAUGGAACAUGCUGGACGCAACCAACCGUGCUAAUACAUAUCUUCAGCAGUCUCAGUAUGUGAUGCAGCAGCAGGCUGGGUACCCACCGGAGGUGAUGUCACAAUUCAUGACACCAGAGGCCUAUCAGGCUCAUGUUUCUUGGCCUGAGGGCAGGCCAGAUCCUUACGGAGGGGGUGGAUCAUCGUUCGGGACGCUUUCUGACGAUAUAUUGAUGGGAGAUUCUGACAGAGACGAUCCAGACAGAGUCCCAAGUGCAACUGGUGGUUCAGAUGAUCAUGACAUGCAGGGUUGAAAGAGGAAAAGAAUGACUUUGAAAGCUCACCGUUUAUUGAGUGACAUUUUUAUAAAGCUUUCAGUCUAUUCUUUCUUUCUCUUUCAUUUCUUCUGACAAUAUUUGCUUCUGUUCAUAUUUUAAAUUUAGCACAAUGACUCACUUUGUUUAGUUAGCAUUUUGUUUAAUUAUUUUGGUAUUUUCGUAUUCAUAUUCGUAUUGUUCAAAGUUGUAUUGUGUUGUUUUAUAUUAGCACUUUUGGUUUAUAUCAAGUACUUUGUUUUGAAAAUUGUGGAAGUUUCUUUAGUUUAUCACUCUUGCUUAUUGAAAAGAAAAUGCUCAAAGCUUCAAAUUUCAAAGCGCUUGAAAGAGCCAAAACUUGAGCAAAAUUCUCAGAUGAUUGAUAAUAACAGAUGGUUUGUGAUAAAGCGCAAAGCCAAGGUACAAGUUUCCAGUUUUUCUAGGUUUUUACUUGAAUAGGAAACGAGUACUUUGCACAAAUUUCAAUUCAUUUAGUUCUCCUCGAUAAUGUGUUUGUUUGUGAACCACUUAGUACUAGCUAAAAAGUGAGGAAACCUCAAAUAUUUGUACUAUAUGCAAGGAGACCGGCAUUCAUUGUUUUAACUCGGUCAUUUUAUGUUAAAUCUAAUAUUUGUUUUAAAUUGUGUAAAGACAUGGAAAGGAUCAAGGCAUAUUUUGUUUAAUGAGAGAAACAUACUUGACCACAAAUAGCCUACCUUGUGAGAAGAGCGAGUAUUUGUUAACCCACUUGAGCCAAAUGAAGCAAGGUCCUCAAUUAUGAACUGUCAAUUCAUAAGCACAAUGCUUGAUGAAUUCGCCCUAUAUUUUUCAAAAUCCAGUUCAUUUUUGUUGCACUAUCGGACCUUGAUAUGUUUUAAUUGUUGAACCCUAAACCUUCAUUGUUAUUUGUCCCUUUUUGCCAUAGAUUAAGGGAACAUUCAAAUAGGGUAUGUUUUCAUUCAAGUUGGGGAGAAAAGGUAGAUGUUCAUCAUUUGUCAAGUGAAUUGGUGUAAUCAGAAAUUUUGAUCAAGACAACAUUGUUUGUAUAUGAAAAAAGAAAGAAAAAGAAAAAUGUGUACAUGAUAAAAACAAGAAAAGAAGAAAAAGAAAAAGAAAGAAAAAUCCAAAAAUAGAAUAAGUUGUCAAGAUCAAGGAGUAUCAUGUUUUAACACCAAGGGUUUGUUAGGGAAUUCUAGUAAAUUUGUCUUUUGAAUGUGAAUAGAAGGAAUGUUCCCUUAUGCUUGACCAUUUGAAUUCAAUUGACCCACAAAUGUCCUUUCUUUUGUAGCCAAGCCAAAUUACAACCCUAAAAGACCUUUUGAUCCAUGUUUUUAUGCUUUUUGAAAUGAUAAUUGGAUGGACAUAUAACUUGAUUUGGAUGUUAACUUGAUUGCCGGAUGUGUGUUCAUAACCCUCACUCAUUUGAUUUCAAUUGCAUAUCUACUUACAAAGAAGUGUGUUAGGUGUGGUUCGUGAAUAAAUGUUUUAUUGACUUGAACUAUUUGACAUGAACUUUGUGCAUAGAACUCAUUUCAUAUUUGUGGUAGAAUUCCAGAUUAGUUGGAAACUCAGACUUGCCCGCGCAUUCUCUUUGAAUCAUUCAUCUAAAAAUGUUUUCAAACCUUUUGUACUUGUGUCUUGUCAUAUUAACUUGUUUGAUUUUCAAGAUUUUGUUUGAGGACAAACAAAGAGUUAAGUUGGGGAGAGUUUGAUAAGUGCUAGAAAGUUGUAAUUUAAGUGAUAUAUUUUAGGCACUUUUGUUACUUGUUUUGCAAGUUAUUAAGGGAAAAGCCGAGAAAUAAGUGAUUAUUGCCCUUUUACGCUUUAUCUAUCUUACUUCACCCAUUUGUGCAGGAUUCGAACUCAAGACAUCAAGCAAAGAGAAGAAAAUCGAGAAAAGUACAAAAAGGCAGAAAAAGGAGAUCACUCGCCUCCAACUCGCCAUGGCAAGCAGAAAAGGCGAGCAAUUCCAGAAUGCAACAAAGAUCACACGCCACCAACUCGCAAUGGCGAGUAGAAGGCGAGCUUACUCGCCGUGGCGAAUGGAAGGACUCGCGAGGCGAGUAAGGGCGGUUUAGCCUCUAAAUGCUGACGUGGCACAAACCCAAUGGGGAAGAAACUUCAACUCGCCUUGGCGAAUGAAGCAGCUCGCGAGGCGAGUGAAGGCAGACUCAGAAUUCUAUAAAUAGCCCACUCAACCAUUUCAGAAAAAGAUAGUUUUUUAUAUAGUUUUUAGAUAGUUUUUCUCUUAGUUUUUCACUUGUAAUAUUCUUAGAGAGAGAGAGAUAGGGCUUGUGCUUUAUAGAGUGAGAGUGAUAGAGAGUGGAUUCUUCAUCCUUUGUUGAGACAUCACAAGUUGUAAUGAAUCUUGCUUCUUCAAUUCAUUCUUGCAAGGCUUCCAUGACAAUGAGUAGCUAAAUCUCCUUUGUUGGGAUUAGAGGUGUUAUACCCUGUUUUUGGACCUAAAAAUACUGGGCCCAAUUUCAUUUCAAACUUUGUCAAUUAUCAAAUUUCAACUGCACAGUUCAAUUUGUCUCUGCCUCGCAGUAUUUUCAAUCACAAUUUUACCUAUGUUUUUCUUGCAUAAAACCUUUCAAAAUGUCUUUACUUGUCUUGUAAGUCAUUCAAAAGUGUCUCUGGAUCAUUACAUUGCUUUUUCUACAGUUUAUUCCAAAAUUUGCAAAAAGUCAUACAGAAGGGUAUUUUGGUCAUUUCCUGCAGUGGGACCCAUUUUCAUCCUUGUGACUGUCUCUGAGUCUUUUCAGAUUACUUUUAAACAUUUCAUCAGUAAACUUUGUUAAAAUUCAUUUCAAACUUGCGUCUGAGUCAGUGUCAGGUCAAUUUGAAUCUGUUUAGGUCGUUUUUAGCCCUAGGGGCAUUUUGGUCAUUUCACAUAAAAUUUUGGCAUGGGGAGGUUACUUUGAAGUACCUCAUUUAGGCCAUUGGUUCGUUUUAGUCCGUUUUGUCAAUUUUAUUUUUUUGUUUCGCUUUACGUUGGGUCAAAUUACGUUUUUUAUUCAAUUUUAUUUUUUAAUUGCAUUUUGGUCCCUCAAGUGAGGUCCCAAAAUUGCAUUUCAGUCCAGAAUUUUCUUUUUUUACAUUUCAGUCCUUUUUGUCAAUUGCAGUUUAGUCCCUUAUUUUUUCAAUUUUGCAGAAAGGUCCAAUUUCAUUUUUUGCCCAAGGCCGUGCCAUCUUUUUUUUUCAGGUCCAGGUGUCACUUUCUCAUUUGUUCAGAUACACACAUGUCAAGCUAUAAAAGGUGCACAGUGCCACUCAGAGCCAGAAAAACACACGCCAACUCAUAAACACAUUCCAAAUUUUCUCUUUCUCAGCAACUGAAUCAAAACAGAAAAAAUUCCUCAGAUUCAUCAAGAACACCAAGAACAAAAAACCUAACCGUUUUCCAGAAACAGAAACUACACAAAUUCAAGCUAUUUUUCAUGGAUUCUCAGUGAUUCUUUGAAGAAUCAUCAUCAUUGAAUCAAUAUCUUCGCAAUUCGAAGUGCGAAUUCGCCAAAGGCAAACUCCAGCACCGAUCACGAAGAUACAGUGAGGAAGACGAAGAAGAAAGAAAGAUGAUGAAGGUUUAAACCGGCGAAGAAGGCGAUAAAGCAAGAAACCAGCAGGAACACCGGUUUAUUUCCGGAUUCAAAGCCAAAUCACGUAGCAUCAGAGAUUGAAGUUUUCCAAAGAAUUUCUCCAUUAAAGGUUUCAACCAAAACCUUAGGUAAAACUCAUACUCUUUUUCAAAAGCAAUAUCACUGUUAAACCUAAAAAUCACGCAAGCAAAACAGAUCCAAAGGUUCCAGAAUUCAAAGAAAACUAUAACCGUAAACAUCAAAAUCCAGAUCCGUAAGGAUCAACGUUUUGAAAGCGAAAACAGGCGUCAAAAAGUAAUCAAACGACGAAACGAUGUAGAUCUUUAAAGAUCUAAAUGAUCUCAUUCAAAAAAAUCAAAAAUCAUUUCAAAACCGUAAAAGCUUUUUCAAGAUCUACGUCGUUCAAAGCCGUUUUUGAAAAAACAAAUGCCGGAUUCGUGUUUAGGGUUAAAGGACGAGUCAAACGAAGUAAGAAUCUUUGAAAUCUGGAAAUUUAGGUCACCGGAAACUGCAUGAACUCGCCGGAGAAGAUGAAGUUUCCGGCGGACCUUCAAGGUCUCCGCCGUAGCUUCAUCCUCGCCGGCGGCGAGGUUUAGAGAGAGGUGAGAGGUGAGAGAAGAGAGAAGAGCUAGAGAGAGAAAGGGGAGUGAAAAAUGAAGAAAACCGGUGCCAUGCCUUUUAAAUAAGCUAGUGAACCAGACCGGUCCAAGACCGGUCCAAUCCUGUUGAUUCCAGGCCGUUUGAUCUAGGGUUUCAGGACCCUGGAUCAAUCCUGUGGCUCCUGUGAAUCCGGUUCCUUAGGGUUUUGGGUUGGGCCUUUGUUUCCUUUGGAUCUUUACGUUUUGCUAUUCCUGUGCUUUUCACACCUCUAUUUUUGCUACCUGUACCUAUGUCUUGAUUAAAAUUGUGAUAAAAUUCCUAGAAAAAUUCAUGCAUGUUUCCUGAUAUUUUCUUAGUGUUUUUAUGACAUUUUUGCACAUUAAGGAUCUAUGAAAUUUUGGUAUGGUUAAUUCAUAGCAUUUUAAUUCUCUUUGAAUUAUUUGUUAUGGAUUCUUCUUCAUACAUUUGUCCUUGAUGUGCGAAUAUGUGAUAAAAGCUUUUUGAUGUGUUAAUAUGAGAAAUUUGUGCCUAUAAUUUCGUGUUGUUUUGCUGUUUUGAUUUGGUUCAUGAGUGCUUGAUUUUAUGAGCAAUAUAUGCAUAUUUUGAAAGAUAUAAAAUGCCAAGUUUAUUCUAGAAAAUAUGGCAUGAAACCAUGCUUGCAUGUUUCCAAUAAUUUCAUGCUAUAACUUGAGAUAAAGAAAACUCUUUCAAAAUUUGUUAAAGCAUGAGAAUUAGAGGCCAAGGAUGCUUUAGGUUUCAUACCUAAGUUUUUAGGGUUUAAUGUCAUUUUGUUAACUUUUUGUGUCAUCUUGCAUGAUUUUAUUUCUUAGUGCUUAUUAUGUUUUUUCUUUUGACUAACAAGUUUAUUCCCAUGUUUCAUGCAUCCCAUUUAGCAUUCCCUCCACCCUCUUUAGCCUAGCAUUUAUUUUUGCAAGUUUUAAUUCAUUUAGUGAUGUAAUUUGUCAUCAUUGGUUUGUAGCUUGGCAAAGGGGCCAUAGAAUGUAUUUAGGCAAUUUUUGUAAUAUGGACUAUGGACACUAUGACGCACCGACACGCACACACUCACCUUAGAUGUAUGCAUAGGAUUGUAUGGUUAAAUAAGCGUUUAGGUUUUAAACACCUAGAGAAAAUCCAUCUUUUUUCCAAAAAAAAAACAAUUGAACUUCACUUCAAAAAUUUUCAUAAUAAACAUGAAGUCAACACUUCAUUUCUUUUCCUUUCUUUUUUUUCUUGAGAAAAAUUCAAUUCAUCUUAAUCAUUUAGACUUUCUUUUUUAAUCACUAAUCAAACCUCACUUUUUGCUAAAUCUAAUGCUCAUGAAGCCUCCCAAUCUCCUUCUUCAAAACCAUUUUCAAAACUUAAAAUCAAACAAUUAAAACAAAAACAAGUCUUUUUAGCAAGAACUACGAACGGUUUUGAUCCCUUAAAAGGGUACGUAGGCAAUGAGUCAAAACUCAUCCAAGCCGAAAUAAAAUCAAAAUUCUACUUCUUCUCACCCCCACUCUUAACUAAAUAAACCUCCCAUUUUCAAAAGUAGGUAAAAAUAAAGCGUAAAAAUCGACUUAGGAAAACGGCUCCUAUAGAGGACUAUAGUUACUCCGGGUGCCUAACACCUUCCCGUAGUAAAACCGACCCCCGAACUUAGAAUCUAAGGGUUUUUUCUCAAUUUUUCCCUUCCCAAGAAAAAAGAGAGAUAUCAACGGUCGAAAGGUACAAGUCCAAUUAAUGACUUGGUACCCAAAAACCAUGAUAACAGAAAUGGCGACUUCACUGGGGACUUUUUUAAGCGGGUCGCGCCUAGUUUUCCUUAGUUUAUAUUUAUGUUUUAUUUUAUUGCUUACAUAUGUGAAUAUUUGUUUACUUUCAUUUGACGUGUGGGGUGAGAAUAUCAAAAGUCCUAUACCCGGGCUGAGUGAACUUAUGUUUAGGUAGAGAUAUAAUCGACAAUUCGAUCCGGGGGUUGCCUCGUGUAUUGGAUUAUGCGAUCAAUCUCACAUAGCUGAGGCAUUUUGAAGGUGAUAUUGUCGGCGUGUGUCGUCAUGCUUAGGCACUUCACUUUCAAUUGUUCGACGAAGCUAUGAACCGUAGUUACCAAACCCAUCCUAGCCUUUUUAGGACGUAGUGCGGUGGCUAAAUUGAGUGUUGUCUCAAAACUUUAGUCGUCACGCGAUACUACACUCAAACUAGACCUUCUCACAAAUAAUCGUGGAACGGGUGUCGUCCUGUACUACCAUGAUAUAUGUGAGAGAGGUUGCAGUUUGGGAACUGUGUUAGAACCUUGGUUACUACUAUCCAAAGCCUUAGUUCACCGGACGCCGUGUCCAUCCGUGGCCUUGUUACUUUGAAUCUCAACCCACAUUGUAACUAAACAACACAAUCAUGCAUACAUGCAUUCAUGCAUAAAUAUUUUUCAUGCAUUCAUCGAAGGGUUUAAACAAAUGAGAAUUUUUGUAAAUAAUCACAGGUAUGAAGAAGACUAAGUGCUACAAGUUCAAGGAAGUGGAUUUGGUUAGUUUGAGAGAGUUGGCGCUCAAGGUCAAGAGUCAAACAGGGUUCCGACUCCGGUAUGGGGGAUUGCUUACUUUGCUCCGAACCGAUGUGGACGAGAAGCUAAUGCACACUCUGGUGCAAUUUUAUGAUCCGAGCUUCCGCUGCUUCACUUUCCCGGACUUCCAGUUGGUUCCUACUCUCGAGGCUUACUCCAAUCUAGUGGGGUUACCUAUAGCCGAGAAGACGCCUUUCGCCGGUCCCGGGACUCCUCUUACUCCUCUGGUUGUUGCUAAGGAUCUCUACCUCAAGACUUCCGACGUCUCCAACCAUCUUAUUACCAAGUCUCACAUCCGGGGUUUCACUUCGAAGUAUCUUCUUGAUCAGGCUAAUCUCGGUACCACUCGCCAGGACACACUCGAGGCUAUUCUUGCUUUGCUUAUCUACGGGCUCAUUCUCUUCCCGAACCUUGACAACUUCGUGGACAUGAAUGCUAUCGAGAUCUUUCAUUCUAAGAACCCGGUUCCUACUUUGCUAGCGGACACCUACCACGCCAUUCAUGACAGGACUCUCAAGGGCCGUGGGUAUAUUCUUUGCUGCACAUCUCUUUUGUAUAGGUGGUUUAUUUCGCACCUUCCGAGUUCCUUCCAUGAUAACUCGGAAAAUUGGUCCUACUCUCAGCGGAUUAUGGCUCUCACUCCUGAUGAGGUCGUCUGGCUCACUCCUGCCGCUCAAGUGAAGGAAAUCAUUAUGGGUUGUGGAGACUUUCUCAAUGUACCUCUUCUUGGUACUCGUGGAGGAAUCAACUACAAUCCCGAGCUUGCUAUGAGACAGUUUGGUUUCCCUAUGAAGUCGAAGCCCAUCAAUCUUGCCACAUCUCCAGAGUUCUUCUUCUACACGAAUGCUCCUACCGGACAAAGGAAAGCUUUCGUGGAUGCUUGGUCCAAGGUUCGAAGGAAGAGUGUGAAGCAUCUAGGUGUGAGAUCCGGUGUCGCUCAUGAGGCCUAUACCCAGUGGGUGAUAGAUCGAGCUGAGGAGAUUGGUAUGCCUUAUCCAGCUAUGAGAUAUGUGUCUUCAUCUACCCCAUCUAUGCCUCUACCUUUGCUCCCCGCGACUCAGGAUAUGUAUCAGGAGCAUCUAGCUAUGGAGAGUCGUGAGAAGCAAGUGUGGAAGGCUCGGUACAAUCAAGCCGAGAAUCUAAUCAUGACUUUGGAUGGUAGAGAUGAGCAGAAGACUCAUGAGAAUCUGAUGUUGAAGAAAGAGCUAGCUAAGGCCCGGAGGGAACUAGAAGAGAAAGACGAGCUGCUUAUGAGGGAUUCCAAGAGAGCCCGAGGACGACGAGACUUCUUUGCCAGAUACUGUGAUUCAGAUUCCGAGUCCGAUGAUCCUCCGACUACUUCCUAUGCUUGAGGACUCCAUGUGUUUAUCUUGUUGAAAUUUCAAAGUCUUCCUGUUAAAAAAAAAUACUAUGUAGUUUUGAUUAUUUGCAAAGAUUUCUAAUUGGUUCAAAAUUCCUUCGAUGAAAAAAAAUAAGUCUUUUGCAUUCGCAUUUGCACAUCAUGCAUCAUAUGCAUCAUGCAUUGGUCACAAAGGCUUCCAAGUGCUCACUAUCUCCUGGUUCCUCUGCCACAGUGUGAAAAGUGGCUCGUGCUCAGAGAGUUUACGAACCAGAUAGAAUUGAUCGAACCAGAGAAUACAGAAGAAAGAAAAGGGCUAUGGAAGAAGAGAACGCUCAGCUUCGCACCGAGUUGGCCUCUCUAAAGGAGGAAUUGGCUAAAGCUAAUGACGUCAUGACUGCUCUACUAGCUGCUCAAGAGCAAUCAGCUACAGCUAUCCCUACAACCACAGCUGCACCAGUAACUACAAGCGUGCUCCCUACCACUUCUGCAGACAACCGCUUUACUAUGCCAGUGGGGUUUCCGUAUGGGCUUCCACCGUUCUUCACUCCCGUUGCUACAGCAAGCACCUCGGGCACUGCUAACAAUGUUCUGAUCCCUGCAACAAAUGCCGCCUCCAUCAUUGCUACUUUGCCACAAACAACAGCAGCUGUCACUGAGCCUCUGGUACACACUCUGCCUCAAGGUAUUAACGUCAACACACAGCACAGAAGCAUCCCCGUAACCAAGACUAUGGAAGAGAUGAUGGAGGAACUUGCUAAAGAACUCCGUCACGAGAUCCAGGCCAAUCGAGGGAGUGCAAACUCUGUCAAAACUCAAGACCUUUGCUUAGUGUCAAAAGUGGAUGUUCCUAAAAAGUUCAAGAUUCCGGACUUCGACCGGUACAACGGGCUAACUUGUCCUCAAAAUCACAUCAUCAAAUACGUCCGGAAGAUGGGCAAUUACAAAGACAAUGAUUCCCUUAUGAUCCACUGUUUUCAGGAUAGUCUGAUGGAGGAUGCCGCAGAGUGGUAUACUAGUUUGAGUAAGAAUGACAUCCAUACCUUUGAUGAGUUAGCCACCGCUUUCAAGAGCCAUUAUGGGUUUAACACUCGACUGAGGCCAAAUAGGGAGUUUCUCAGGUCCCUAUCUCAGAAGAAGGAGGAAAGUUUCCGUGAAUAUGCGCAAAGGUGGAGAGGGGCGGCUGCCCGUAUCACUCCUGCUUUAGAUGAGGAAGAAAUGACCCAGACGUUCUUAAAAACGUUGAAGAAAGAUUAUGUUGAGAGGAUGAUCAUCGCUGCCCCGAACAACUUUUCGGAGAUGGUCACCAUGGGAACCCGUCUUGAGGAAGCCGUAAGGGAUGGAAUCAUCGUGUUUGAGAAAGCUGAAUCCUCUGUGAAUGCGUCGAAGAGAUAUGGUAAUGGACACCACAAAAAGAAAGAAACGGAAGUGGGGAUGGUGUCAGCUGGAGCCGGGCAAUCAAUGGCUACUGUUGCUCCUAUCAAUGCAGCUCAAAUGCCUCCGUCAUACCCAUAUAUGCCGUAUUCUCAGCAUCCGUUCUUCCCACCGUUUUAUCAUCAGUACCCUUUGCCGCCGGGCCAGCCUCAAGUGCCCGUCAAUGCAAUUGCCCAACAGAUGAAACAACAGAUGCCGGUUCAACAACAACAACAAAAUCAGCAAGCCAGGCCAACCUUCCCUCCUAUACCAAUGUUGUAUGCAGAACUUCUUCCAACUCUACUCCAGAGAGGUCAUUGUACAACUAGACAGGGUAAGCCCCCACCUGAUCCGUUGCCUCCAAGGUUCAGGUCUGAUCUCAAAUGUGACUUUCAUCAAGGUGCCUUGGGUCAUGACGUCGAGGGGUGUUAUGCUUUGAAGUAUAUCGUGAAGAAGCUCAUCGAUCAAGGGAAGCUGACUUUUGAGAAUAAUGUCCCACAUGUCCUCGACAAUCCGCUACCAAAUCAUGCCGCUGUGAAUAUGAUCGAAGUGUGUGAAGAAGCUCCGAGACUUGAUGUCCGCAACGUCGCAACUCCUCUGGUACCUCUACACAUCAAGCUGUGCAAAGCUUCUCUGUUCAAUCAUGAUCAUGCCAAGUGUCUGGGAUGUCUCCGUGAUCCUUUGGGUUGCCACGCUGUUCAAGACGACAUUCAAAGCUUGAUGAAUGAUAAUCUUCUGACUGUCAGUGAUGUUUGCGUGAUUGUGCCAGUUUUUCACGAUCCACCUGUCAAGAGUGUAACUUUGAAGAAGAAUGCUGAGCCUUUGGUGAUAAGGUUGCCAGGACCAAUUCCUUAUGUUUCGGACAAGGCAGUGCCAUACAAGUACAAUGCUACUAUGAUAGAAAAUGGAGUAGAGGUGCCUCUAGCCUCCUUUGCCACAGUAAGCAAUAUUGCCGAAGGGACUUCUGCAGCACUAAGAAGCGGGAAGGUCCGUCCGCCGUUAUUUCAGAAGAAAGUAGCUACACCGACCAUUCCACCAGUUGAAGAAGCAACUCCAACCGUUGUUUCACCCAUUGCUACAGAUGUGAACCAGCCAGGCAAAUCUAUAGAGGAUUCAAAUUUAGAUGAGAUUCUGAGGAUAAUAAAGAGGAGCGACUACAAGAUCGUUGAUCAGUUGCUGCAGACUCCUUCAAAGAUAUCUGUAUUGUCGUUACUCUUGAGCUCCGAGGCUCACAGGAAUACCUUGUUAAAAGUGCUGGAGCAGGCUUAUGUUGACCACGAAGUUACGGUAGAUCGUUUCGGUGGCAUAGUGGGAAAUAUUACUGCUUGUAACAAUCUCUGGUUUAGUGAAGAAGAGCUGCCGGAAGUGGGAAAGAGUCACAAUCUGGCUUUGCACAUCUCGGUGAAAUGUAAAUCAGACAUGAUAUCAAAUGUGUUGGUGGAUACUGGUUCCUCUCUCAAUGUAAUGCCUAAGACAACCCUAGAUCAGUUGAGCUACCGUGGGACCCCGUUGAGGAGAAGUACUUUCUUGGUCAAAGCUUUUGAUGGAUCUCGAAAGAAUGUGCUGGGAGAGAUAGACUUGCCGAUAACCAUUGGCCCUGAGAAUUUCUUGGUUACUUUCCAAGUGAUGGACAUUAAUGCAUCCUACAGUUGCCUGCUGGGAAGACCGUGGAUACACGAUGCAGGUGCGGUUACUUCCACCUUACAUCAGAAGUUGAAAUUUGUGAAGAAUGGAAAACUCGUUACAAUCCAUGGUGAAGAAGCAUACUUAGUCAGCCAAUUGUCUUCUUUUUCUUGUAUUGAAGCAGGGUCUGCUGAAGGGACUGCUUUCCAAGGUUUGACCAUUGAAGGUGCAGAGUCUAAGGAAGCUGGGGCUGCUAUGGCUUCAUUAAAGGAUGCUCAGAGAGCCAUCCAAGAAGGUCAGACUGCCGGCUGGGGCAAGGUGAUACAGCUCUGUGAGAACAAGCGUAAAGAAGGUCUCGGGUUCUCCCCGUCAUCAAGGGUUUCCUCGGGAGUCUUCCACAGUGCAGGGUUUGUUAAUGCUAUCUCUGAAGAAGCCACUGGAUCUGGUCUCAGACCUGCAUUUGUUACACCAGGAGGCAUUACGACAAAUUGGGAUGCCAUUGACAUUCCUUCAAUCAUGCAUGUUUCUGAGUAAUGUGUCUUGUUGCUUUAAUGCUUUGUUUUCAAAAUAACAAUCCUCUCGCUCUGCCCAAAGCGAGAGUGAUAUUUUCUGUAAGGGCAUGUUUGUUUCGGCAUUGCCGUUGAUUAAUAAAAUUUUGUCGUUUCUUCCACGACUAUUUUUUUUUAGUGCUUUUUCCCUUGGAAACAAUGGUAAUGCCAGAAAAAAAAACCAAAACGUCUGUAUUUUCUUAUUAAUUUCAAAAAUCUGCAUGAAAAAAAAAAAAAAAAAAACUCUUUCUAAAAUCAUCCAAUCAUUAUAUGCAGGUUGAACCAUAAUAAACCCGUUGAACACAGUAAUCCUACGGUUCCUCCAAGUUUUGAAUUCCCUGUGUAUGAAGCCGAAGAUGAGGAAGGUGAUGACAUACCAUAUGAGAUCACUCGGUUACUUGAGCAAGAAGAGAAAGCCAUUCAGUCUCACCAGGAAGAGAUCGAGCUUAUCAACAUAGGUACCGAGGAAAACAAGCGAGAAAUCAAGAUUGGUGCCACUCUAGAGGAAGGGGUUAAACAGAAGAUCAUCCAGCUCCUCCGGGAAUAUCCGGAUAUUUUUGCAUGGUCCUAUGAAGAUAUGCCAGGUCUAGACCCUAUGAUCGUGGAGCAUCGGAUCCCUACCAAGCCUGAAUGUCCUCCCGUCAGGCAGAAAUUGAGAAGGACUCAUCCUGAUAUGGCUCUCAAGAUCAAGAAUGAAGUUCAAAAGCAGAUUGAUGCGGGUUUCCUCAUGACAGUUGAGUAUCCCGAAUGGGUUGCCAAUAUUGUGCCCGUGCCAAAGAAGGAUGGUAAAGUCCGGAUGUGUGUUGACUUCAGAGACCUGAACAAGGCCAGUCCAAAAGACAACUUUCCAUUACCUCAUAUUGAUGUGCUUGUUGAUAAUACUGCUCAAUCUAAGGUGUUUUCCUUCAUGGACGGUUUUUCCGGUUAUAAUCAAAUCAAGAUGUCUCCUGAAGAUAGGGAAAAGACAUCUUUUAUCACUCCAUGGGGUACUUUCUGCUACAAGGUGAUGCCGUUCGGCCUAAUCAAUGCUGGUGCUACCUACCAAAGGGGAAUGACCACUCUGUUUCAUGACAUGAUUCACAAGGAAGUUGAGGUAUAUGUGGAUGACAUGAUUGUGAAGUCAGCAGAUGAGGAGCAGCAUGUUGAAUAUUUAACAAAGAUGUUUGAAAGGUUGAGAAAAUACAAGCUGCGAUUGAAUCCCAACAAAUGUACAUUCGGUGUCAGGUCCGGAAAGUUAUUAGGCUUCAUUGUCAGCCAAAAGGGCAUUGAAGUCGAUCCUGAUAAAGUCCGGGCCAUCCGAGAAAUGCCAGCUCCACAGACAGAGAAGCAAGUCAGAGGUUUCUUGGGACGUUUGAAUUACAUCUCCCGAUUCAUAUCUCAUAUGACCGCAACCUGCGGGCCGAUCUUUAAGCUGCUUAGAAAGAACCAGCCUAUUGUAUGGAAUGAUGAAUGCCAAGAAGCUUUUGAUAGCAUCAAGAAUUACCUGCUGGAACCACCUAUCCUUGUCCCACCCGUGGAAGGAAGGCCUUUGAUUAUGUAUUUGGCAGUGUUUGAUGAAUCCAUGGGAUGCGUGCUUGGUCAACAAGAUGAAACUGGAAAGAAAGAGCAUGCUAUCUACUAUCUAAGCAAGAAGUUCACCGAUUGUGAAACUCGGUAUACAAUGCUUGAGAAGACUUGUUGUGCUUUAGCUUGGGCUACCAAACGCCUGCGUCAUUAUUUGGUGAAUCAUACAACUUGGUUGAUAUCCAGAAUGGAUCCGAUAAAGUAUAUCUUUGAGAAGGCUGCUGUUACUGGAAAGAUUGCACGCUGGCAGAUGCUUUUGUCAGAAUAUGAUAUUGUGUUCAAAACUCAAAAGGCAAUCAAAGGCAGCAUUCUUGCCGAUCACCUUGCUUAUCAACCUCUUGACGAUUACCAACCAAUUGAAUUCGACUUCCCUGAUGAAGAGAUCAUGUAUUUGAAAUCCAAAGACUGCGAAGAACCGUUGAUUAAUGAAGGUCCAGAUCCCGAUAGCAAGUGGGGUUUAGUCUUUGACGGUGCUGUCAAUGCUUAUGGCAAGGGAAUUGGGGCAGUCAUUGUAUCCCCGCAGGGGCAUCACAUUCCUUUUACCACCAGAAUCUUGUUCGAAUGUACCAACAAUAUGGCGGAGUAUGAAGCAUGUAUCUUUGGGAUCGAGGAAGCAAUUGACAUGAGAAUCAAACACCUCGACAUCUAUGGAGAUUCUGCGCUCAUCAUCAAUCAGAUAAAGGGUGAAUGGGAGACCCACCAUGCUAAUUUGAUUCCUUAUCGUGAUUAUGCGAGACGUUUGCUGACAUAUUUUACAAAGGUUGAGCUGCACCAUAUUCCUCGUGAUGAGAACCAAAUGGCUGAUGCUCUUGCUACUCUAUCCUCCAUGUUUCGAGUAAACCAUUGGAAUGAUGUGCCAUUAAUCAAAGUGCAACGCCUUGAAAGACCUUCGCAUGUGUUUGCUAUUGGGGAUGUGAUCGAUCAGGCUGGUGAGAAUGUGGUUGACUAUAGACCCUGGUACUACGACAUCAAACAGUUCUUGCUGAGCCGUGAGUAUCCGCCGGGUGCUUCCAAACAAGACAAGAAGACCUUGAGAAGAUUGGCCGGUAGAUUCCUGUUAGAUGGAAAUAUUCUGUACAAGAGGAACUAUGACAUGGUAUUGUUAAGGUGUGUUGAUGAACAUGAAGCAGAGCAGUUAAUGCAUGAUGUACAUGACGGUACCUUCGGGACCCAUGCUACAGGGCAUACUAUGUCAAGGAAGUUGUUACGAGCAGGUUACUACUGGAUGGCCAUGGAGCAUGAUUGCUACCAGCACGCCAGAAAGUGCCACAAAUGUCAAAUCUAUGCUGAUAAGAUUCAUGUGCCUCCGCACGCCCUCAAUGUUAUGUCAUCCCCAUGGCCGUUCUCAAUGUGGGGCAUCGACAUGAUUGGAAGAAUUGAACCGAAAGCUUCAAAUGGCCAUCGUUUCAUCUUAGUGGCAAUUGACUACUUUACCAAAUGGGUUGAAGCGGCAUCUUAUACCAAUGUGACUAAGCAAGUGGUAGCUAAGUUUAUCAAGAACAACAUCAUCUGUCGAUAUGGUGUUCCCAGCAAAAUUAUUACCGACAACGGUACCAACCUGAACAACAAUGUGGUGCAAGCUCUUUGUGAAGAAUUCAAAAUUGAGCAUCAUAACUCUUCUCCUUAUAGACCUCAGAUGAAUGGUGCAGUUGAGGCCGCCAACAAGAAUAUCAAGAGAAUCGUCCAGAAGAUGGUAACUACUUACAAGGACUGGCAUGAGAUGUUACCCUAUGCUCUGCAUGGCUACCGCACUACCGUGCGCAGUUCAACCGGGGCAACUCCUUUCUCUCUUGUAUAUGGUAUGGAAGCAGUUCUUCCUUUGGAAGUGGAGAUCCCAUCUCUCCGUGUGAUCAUGGAAGCAAAGUUAUCCGAGGCUGAAUGGUGCCAAAGCCGGUAUGAUCAGUUGAAUUUGAUUGAGGAAAAACGUAUGGAUGCCAUGGCUCGUGGACAGUCAUAUCAAGCAAGAAUGAAGACUGCCUUUGACAAGAAAGUCCAUCCUCGAGAAUUCAAGGUAGGGGAACUUGUAUUGAAAAGGAGGAUAAGCCAGCAACCCGACCCAAGGGGCAAGUGGACGCCUAACUAUGAAGGUCCUUAUGUUGUCAAGAAGGCCUUCUCCGGUGGUGCUUUAAUCCUUACACACAUGGAUGGUAUAGAACUUCCAAAUCCAGUGAAUGCCGAUAUAGUCAAGAAAUACUUUGCCUAGAAAUAUGAAAAGAACAGCGUGGUAGGUCGAAAACCCGAAAGGGCGGCCUAGGCAAAAAUGCGCUUCCCGGUGGAUCGAAAACCCGAAAGGGCGGUCCAGGCAAAAAUAAGGGACAAAAAACAAAUAUGAAAAAGCUCGCUGAGAUUGUUCGCAACUCAGGCAAAAAUGAGCGUCUCGAUGAAUCGAAAACCCGGAAGGGCGGUUCAUGCAAAAAUGAGAUUGAAGCAAAAGGCAAGUAACUAUAUCUGGCUAACCACCGUCCCCUUGGGGCAUCUGCAGCUGUUAAUGACCAUCUUCAUCAAAAGCUCCUAUGCUUGCGAAUUCAAAGUUUCUAGGAAAUGUCAUGAUUACUGUGUUCAAUGUAUCACCAACCAAUAAAAUUACCAUUUUCCAAGCUUUGUAAAUCCGUGGAGUCACGCCUUCGGCUGACCACCACUCUUAUACAUCAAAUUGAGCCUGUGCUUUUGUUUAAAAUUCUAUUUUCUUCUACUUUCAAAGCUAUAUACAAAACAUUUUCUUUCUAUUUUGAUAAUGGCAAUGCUUGAAACAAACAUUUUUGAAAACUGAAAACUUUUUGUUUAUUUUGAAAAGCAAACCUGAGCAACAGGGUACAUUCAAAUGAAACAUGCAUGAGCGAGAGUAUGUUGGUGUCUAUUUCAAUAUAUGUUACCAGCAGAUUCUCCUCCAAGAUAAUCUGUGGUCAAUGGCAAGAAUGAAAAAAACAGAAUGAAAAUGCAUGAAAAUAAAUGAGCUCGCUAAGUUGAAAACCCGAAAGGGCGGCUUAGGCAAAAAUGAGCACCCCGCUGGAUUGACAACCCGAAAGGGCAGUUCAGGCAAAAAUGGGGCAUUGAAAAGAAUUUAUUUCCCCGGUGGACCGAAAACCCGAAAGGGCGAUCCAGGCAAAAAUGGGAUGCAAAAAAUGAUGAAUGAAAAUGAGAAUAUAACAUGCAAAAGCAUUGACCACAGAUGCAAUGUCUACAACAUACCCAGCGCUGAAAUGCCCAGCACAACGGCGUUUUCCCCAGUCGGGUCUUCCAAGAUUCUAUCCCCAGCAAGAUGCAUAGCUACCUGCCCUCAGCCAUGGUUCCGAUACGUCUCCCAACGACGUCAUCCCCAAAGAGGAUUUCCAAGAAUGUGUAAUAUAGCACGAGCCACUACGUGCCCAAUACUCUGAUGUCUUGUCUUCCCCGUGAAGUCGUGCCUACAAAAUGCCAACAGUCAUGCAUUACAAGCAUUCAUACAUGCAUAAUCAUGCAUAUUACGUACCCAUGCAUUUAAUGAAAUUGUUAUAUCAUCCAUGCAUAUUGCAUUUCCAAUGUCAACAUCAGUCUCAAUUCAAUACUCAUGUCAGGUUCUCUGUCAAAACCUUGUGAGCCAAUAAUACCGGUCAAUUUCUGCCUUUCAAUUCAAAUCGAUGUCAAGUCAACCUCAAUCUAUAUUUUGUCAACAAACCAAUCCCCAGUGAAUAUGUUUCUAUUUGGUCAAGUGACUAGUUCAAGUCCAAGAACAGCUUGUACCUAUCAAUUUGCUUAUGUUAUCGGUCGAGUGCCCAGCUCAAUCCAAGAGCAGCUUGUACCUAUCAAUAUGUUUCCGUUUGGUCAAGUGGCUAGCUCAAUCCAAGAGCAGCUUGUACCUGUCUAUCUGUUUCUGCCCGGUGGAGUAACCAGUUCGCAUCCAAGAACAAGCUCGCACCUGUCUAUUUGCCUUGCUUUCAGUCGAGUCACCAGUUCGAAUCCGUAAGAACAACUUGUAAUUGUCAGUUUUCUCUUUCUUCCAGUCGGGUUACCAGUUCGAAUCCAUAAGAACAACUCGCACUUUCCAAUAUCCCCAAGUGAGUCACCAGUUCGAAUCCAUAAGAACAACUCAUGUUGGUCCAGUAACCUCUAUCCCCUGUGAAGUGACCAGUUCGAAUCCAUAAGAACAACUCGCAGUUGUCUGUUUGUUUCAUCCCCGGUCAAGUGGCUAGUUCGAAUCCAAGAACAGCUUGUACCUGUCCAACUUGUUUCUAGUUUCCCGUUACUCUGCUAUUCACUAUCUUUGUCAAUGUCUACCAAUCCCGCAAUGGAUACGACAUAUUUUGUUAAUUCCAAUCCCCAUGAAGUCUUGCAUUCAUAAUCCAAGUGAUGCAUGGCAUGCAUAUUAUUUGAAAAUGGGUAGGCGUAUUUUUACGUCCAAAUACAGUGCAAAUGCUAAUAUUUAAGUACCUUCGUCCUGUCAAGCCAAAGACUCCAUCUCUUGACUCUCCAGACAAAGAAACUUAAAUAGGGGCAGCUGUUAUACCCUGUUUUUGGACCUAAAAAUACUGGGCCCAAUUUCAUUUCAAACUUUGUCAAUUAUCAGAUUUCAACUGCACAGUUCAAUUUGUCUCUGCCUCGCAGUAUUUUCAAUCACAAUUUUACCUAUGUUUUUCUUGCAUAAAACCUUUCAAAAUGUCUUUACUUGUCUUGUAAGUCAUUCAAAAGUGUCUCUGGAUCAUUACAUUGCUUUUUCUACAGUUUAUUCCAAAAUUUGCAAAAAGUCAUACAGAAGGGUAUUUUGGUCAUUUCCUGCAGUGGGACCCAUUUUCAUCCUUGUGACUGUCUCUGAGUCUUUUCAGAUUACUUUUAAACAUUUCAUCAGUAAACUUUGUUAAAAUUCAUUUCAAACUUGCGUCUGAGUCAGUGUCAGGUCAAUUUGAAUCUGUUUAGGUCGUUUUUAGCCCUAGGGGCAUUUUGGUCAUUUCACAUAAAAUUUUGGCAUGGGGAGGUUACUUUGAAGUACCUCAUUUAGGCCAUUGGUUCGUUUUAGUCCGUUUUGUCAAUUUUAUUUUUUUGUUUCGCUUUACGUUGGGUCAAAUUACGUUUUUUAUUCAAUUUUAUUUUUUAAUUGCAUUUUGGUCCCUCAAGUGAGGUCCCAAAAUUGCAUUUCAGUCCAGAAUUUUCUUUUUUUACAUUUCAGUCCUUUUUGUCAAUUGCAGUUUAGUCCCUUAUUUUUUCAAUUUUGCAGAAAGGUCCAAUUUCAUUUUUUGCCCAAGGCCGUGCCAUCUUUUUUUUUCAGGUCCAGGUGUCACUUUCUCAUUUGUUCAGAUACACACAUGUCAAGCUAUAAAAGGUGCACAGUGCCACUCAGAGCCAGAAAAACACACGCCAACUCAUAAACACAUUCCAAAUUUUCUCUUUCUCAGCAACUGAAUCAAAACAGAAAAAAUUCCUCAGAUUCAUCAAGAACACCAAGAACAAAAAACCUAACCGUUUUCCAGAAACAGAAACUACACAAAUUCAAGCUAUUUUUCAUGGAUUCUCAGUGAUUCUUUGAAGAAUCAUCAUCAUUGAAUCAAUAUCUUCGCAAUUCGAAGUGCGAAUUCGCCAAAGGCAAACUCCAGCACCGAUCACGAAGAUACAGUGAGGAAGACGAAGAAGAAAGAAAGAUGAUGAAGGUUUAAACCGGCGAAGAAGGCGAUAAAGCAAGAAACCAGCAGGAACACCGGUUUAUUUCCGGAUUCAAAGCCAAAUCACGUAGCAUCAGAGAUUGAAGUUUUCCAAAGAAUUUCUCCAUUAAAGGUUUCAACCAAAACCUUAGGUAAAACUCAUACUCUUUUUCAAAAGCAAUAUCACUGUUAAACCUAAAAAUCACGCAAGCAAAACAGAUCCAAAGGUUCCAGAAUUCAAAGAAAACUAUAACCGUAAACAUCAAAAUCCAGAUCCGUAAGGAUCAACGUUUUGAAAGCGAAAACAGGCGUCAAAAAGUAAUCAAACGACGAAACGAUGUAGAUCUUUAAAGAUCUAAAUGAUCUCAUUCAAAAAAAUCAAAAAUCAUUUCAAAACCGUAAAAGCUUUUUCAAGAUCUACGUCGUUCAAAGCCGUUUUUGAAAAAACAAAUGCCGGAUUCGUGUUUAGGGUUAAAGGACGAGUCAAACGAAGUAAGAAUCUUUGAAAUCUGGAAAUUUAGGUCACCGAAAACUGCAUGAACUCGCCGGAGAAGAUGAAGUUUCCGGCGGACCUUCAAGGUCUCCGCCGUAGCUUCAUCCUCGCCGGCGGCGAGGUUUAGAGAGAGGUGAGAGGUGAGAGAAGAGAGAAGAGCUAGAGAGAGAAAGGGGAGUGAAAAAUGAAGAAAACCGGUGCCAUGCCUUUUAAAUAAGCUAGUGAACCAGACCGGUCCAAGACCGGUCCAAUCCUGUUGAUUCCAGGCCGUUUGAUCUAGGGUUUCAGGACCCUGGAUCAAUCUUGUGGCUCCUGUGAAUCCGGUUCCUUAGGGUUUUGGGUUGGGCCUUUGUUUCCUUUGGAUCUUUACGUUUUGCUAUUCCUGUGCUUUUCACACCUCUAUUUUUGCUACCUGUACCUAUGUCUUGAUUAAAAUUGUGAUAAAAUUCCUAGAAAAAUUCAUGCAUGUUUCCUGAUAUUUUCUUAGUGUUUUUAUGACAUUUUUGCACAUUAAGGAUCUAUGAAAUUUUGGUAUGGUUAAUUCAUAGCAUUUUAAUUCUCUUUGAAUUAUUUGUUAUGGAUUCUUCUUCAUACAUUUGUCCUUGAUGUGCGAAUAUGUGAUAAAAGCUUUUUGAUGUGUUAAUAUGAGAAAUUUGUGCCUAUAAUUUCGUGUUGUUUUGCUGUUUUGAUUUGGUUCAUGAGUGCUUGAUUUUAUGAGCAAUAUAUGCAUAUUUUGAAAGAUAUAAAAUGCCAAGUUUAUUCUAGAAAAUAUGGCAUGAAACCAUGCUUGCAUGUUUCCAAUAAUUUCAUGCUAUAACUUGAGAUAAAGAAAACUCUUUCAAAAUUUGUUAAAGCAUGAGAAUUAGAGGCCAAGGAUGCUUUAGGUUUCAUACCUAAGUUUUUAGGGUUUAAUGUCAUUUUGUUAACUUUUUGUGUCAUCUUGCAUGAUUUUAUUUCUUAGUGCUUAUUAUGUUUUUUCUUUUGACUAACAAGUUUAUUCCCAUGUUUCAUGCAUCCCAUUUAGCAUUCCCUCCACCCUCUUUAGCCUAGCAUUUAUUUUUGCAAGUUUUAAUUCAUUUAGUGAUGUAAUUUGUCAUCAUUGGUUUGUAGCUUGGCAAAGGGGCCAUAGAAUGUAUUUAGGCAAUUUUUGUAAUAUGGACUAUGGACACUAUGACGCACCGACACGCACACACUCACCUUAGAUGUAUGCAUAGGAUUGUAUGGUUAAAUAAGCGUUUAGGUUUUAAACACCUAGAGAAAAUCCAUCUUUUUUCCAAAAAAAAAACAAUUGAACUUCACUUCAAAAAUUUUCAUAAUAAACAUGAAGUCAACACUUCAUUUCUUUUCCUUUCUUUUUUUUCUUGAGAAAAAUUCAAUUCAUCUUAAUCAUUUAGACUUUCUUUUUUAAUCACUAAUCAAACCUCACUUUUUGCUAAAUCUAAUGCUCAUGAAGCCUCCCAAUCUCCUUCUUCAAAACCAUUUUCAAAACUUAAAAUCAAACAAUUAAAACAAAAACAAGUCUUUUUAGCAAGAACUACGAACGGUUUUGAUCCCUUAAAAGGGUACGUAGGCAAUGAGUCAAAACUCAUCCAAGCCGAAAUAAAAUCAAAAUUCUACUUCUUCUCACCCCCACUCUUAACUAAAUAAACCUCCCAUUUUCAAAAGUAGGUAAAAAUAAAGCGUAAAAAUCGACUUAGGAAAACGGCUCCUAUAGAGGACUAUAGUUACUCCGGGUGCCUAACACCUUCCCGUAGUAAAACCGACCCCCGAACUUAGAAUCUAAGGGUUUUUUCUCAAUUUUUCCCUUCCCAAGAAAAAAGAGAGAUAUCAACGGUCGAAAGGUACAAGUCCAAUUAAUGACUUGGUACCCAAAAACCAUGAUAACAAGAGGUACUUGAUCAUAGUUUAACAUGUAAUCGUUUGAUCUAUAAAUAUAUGGUUCUAGCAUUUGAAUUGAUAUUGAGGUUAUUCUUGCACUUUAAUCUUUAUCUUUGAUUUAAUUGUGAUUGAGAAAUACUUUUGAAUCUAGGUUUAGAAUAACCAUCUAUCAAAACAUAGUUUCUAGACAUGGAAUCGAUGUUUUGAUAAUCACCUUGAGUAUCCAAACCUAAAGCUUUCUUAUCAUUUAAUAGAUUGAGAAAUCAUCGAUUGAACGAUAAGAUCGACUCUUGAAUCAUUCAAUAGUUUGAGACAUCGACCAUUGAAUGAUACAAUUGAUUUCACAAUAUUGUUUGGACACGAAUGGUGUUGUCGAGGGAUACGUGAUAAUAUCAAAGAAAAGCUAGAAUCCAUGUAUGAUCAUUAGGUUACGUGCGACGCUCGAUCAAGGAACUCUAAUCCUAACAAGUUUUACGCCCUAUUAAUCUCAAUUGUAUCAUUUGCAAUUCAGUUACUAAAACAAACAAUCAACUAUCGUUUAACUUGAAAUGAUAUUUGGUGUCGAACGGUCCGCGAUAUCGCACUAGUCCCUGAGGAGACGAUAUAAAUACUUACAAUUGUUUGAUGCAAAAAUACUACAUCAGCCCCUUGGUUCCAACAACGAGUUAGAUCACGACGACAAGCAUCCAUCUCCUCUUUUAGACCAUUGUGAUUCACUUUGUUCCAUGUGCUAAGCUCUUAUGCACAAUGAUCUAGUUUUUCAACAAUCAACAAACCUGCACUAGAAACCCAGCUAUCAGAAACAACAUCAUGAAUACAUGGUUCAACACACCAAGCAUUCUCAAAUUUAAAAUUUCUUUUAGGUAUCCAGACACGAGCAUUCGGUAUCCCUAUUUAAUAAAAUUGGAUAAUGAUCAGAAGUUGAAGCCACUAAAUUCUCUUGCUUGGCAUUAGGAUACAACUAGAACCACUCUUCAUUUGCAAGAGCACGGUCCGAUCUUUCUUUAACUGCUCUAGGAGUACCUGAACUCUUAAACUAGGUAAAAGAAUACCCCCUCCUUUAACAUAUCAAUUAAACCUGCAUAAAAAACAACCUAUCUUAAAUCGUUAAUCAACCACCUAGCACGCUUAAAGCCCCCUCACUUUUCAUAGAUAUCCAAAAUAUCAUUAAAAUCACCAAGGAUACACCAUUGAAGCGAAGUACCACAAGAUAAAUUUCUCAAAAAAUCCCAAGAAUUGCGUCUUCGACUCCCUUAUAGGAAUCCAUAAAAACUUGUAAAUGCCAUCUCCCUUGACUAGGAUCACGGACUUCAACAUUAAUAUAAUUUUCAGAAUAAUUUAUCACUCUACAGUUAAAAGAGUGUCUCCAAAGUAGUGCUAAGACACCACUUCGACCAUUACUAAUAACAGUUAAACAUUUAUCAAAAUCAAGCAAAUAACGGAAUUCUUCAGUUUUAUUGGCAUGGAUUAAAGUCUCACUGAGAAAAAGAGCAUCCGACUUAUAAUAGGUACUAGGUAUUUUAGGUUAAGAACUACACUCAGGUUCUCUAGGCCUCGGCAAUUCCAUCCUAUAAGACUCAUUCCCCUCAACAAUAUUCAACAAAGACAUGACAGUAUCAUCAUUAACGGUAUCUGUAGCGAAAACUCUCUCCUUUUUCUUCAAGUACAAUUUGAUACAAACCUUCCAACAUAUCAAACUCAUGACACAUCAAUUUCAUCAAACACAGGUUAUUCAUAGUAUUCACCACCAAAUGCAAUCCCCAAAACCACUAAUUGUAUCAAGAAAGAACCGACAACAAUUUGAUCUCUAAUAAAAUGUGUAAUUAAAAGGAUUAUACCUUGUAUGAAAAUAUAGAUGAUGGAAAUUGCAACAAGACAAAGCACAUGAUCGAGAAGGCAAAGGAAUCAGCGUCAUCUUUAUCUCUGGAAAAGGAGUAAUAUCGAAGGAAAUAGAACAACGCAACAACAAACACGUUCAGGGGAGACUAUUUCUCAUCGAACGACGGCAAAAUCCUUCACAAAGGGAGCGGCGGCGCUAACCCUAGAAGCGACGGCAAUUUCUGUUAUUAUUCUUAAUGUCAAAAAAUAAUUUGGUUCAAAUCAUUGAUCAUGAAGGCCUGUGAUGGGCGUGUAUUAUUCAUUUCAAUGACCUCCAUGUUCAAUGGAGACUCAAAUGUCGGCUGUUAACAUAUAUAAAUAAGUAAUAUACAUUAACUUAUUUUACACGAACAUCAUUACUAGACGUACAAUACUUGGCAUUUUUACUAGCAAUAAACUUGUUACACAACAUAAUAUUGUUCUUGAAACUAUUCAAGCUUAGCAUCAUUCAAACGAUAACUCGGUAUUGCGUGCAAAUGCUGAGCUCUUGGUAUAGUGAGUCCAAAUUUCUCCUCCAUAUUCAAAUUGGAGGGACUAAUAUUAUGUGGAAGUUCCCAGUUAAAACAAUGGAUAAAUUGAGCUAUAACCAAUUUAACAGUAAUUAAACCCAAUUGAAUUCCAGGACAACGCCUACGACCAGAACCAAAUGGUAUAGAUUCAAACUCUUGUCCAAGAUAAUUCAUUUUUUUCUCUACAAAUCUCUCUGGGUAAAAUUCUUUAGCAUUUUCUGACCAAACAUUAGGAUCUCUCCCUAUUGCCCAUGCAUUUACUAUAAGUCGUGUCUUUUCCUUUAUAAAAUAACCAUCAAUUGUUGUGCUCUCUCUAGAUUCACGAGGGACUAGUAACGGUGCUACGGGGUAAAGUCUUAAGGUCUCAUCAACCACCAUAUCUAAAUAAUUCAACUUCUUUAGAUCCUUCUCGUUAACCAUUCUUUUAUUUCCUACUUCAUUUUGUAUCUCAUCUUGAAGCUUUUUCAUCACUCUUGGAUGUCUUAAAAGUUCAGAUAAAGCCCAUUCAAUCGAGGUAGCAGAUGUAUCAAUUGCUGCCACUAUCAUGUCGAGCAAAAUAGCCUUGAUGUUAGUUCGAUCAAUGACGAGAUUUUGUUCACCCUCAAUAUCAAUGGUUUGGUGCAUAAUUGAAAGAAGUAUGUCUACAAAAUCUUUUUGAGUUUUGUUUACAUUAGCAGCUUGUUCAUGUUCUGUUAAUAUCACCUCUAGCACCUCAUCAAGUGCUUUACUGACUUUCUUGCAAGAUUUUGUUAAUCCCUAACAAUGAGUUAAAACAUAAAAUAUCAAUUACUAAAUGAAUAUUUUCAUUGUACUUAACAAAACCAUUAGAGCAUCCUUAAAAAAAAUAAAAAAUAAAACCAUUAGAGCAUGUUUUCUUAAAAGAGGAUCAAUGCUAUCCAUUUUUCUCCUUCAUGACUAGAACUCAUAGCCCUAUGAAUAUAGUUGAAGCAUCUUACCAACUAAACUGCACUUAGAAAAUCGAUAACAAUAUAUUUAAGGGAAUGUAAAAUAUUUAAAACUUUAUUUAAUUUAGUUUCUAAAUUAUCGCAAUCUUUCAUUGUUAAAGAUUAAACACCACCAAAAAAUUAUCAAAAAUUAAAUUAAAUUAUCACGACCUUAAUAUUUUUCCAUUGUGCAAAGAACCGGUCGUCUGAUUUUUUUCAAAAAUUCUCCUACUUUUAUCACCUCAAAUAUUGAGAUUGUGAAAUUUAGCCCCCAAUUUCAAACAAUCACGUGGUAUUUGAGGUAUUUAUAAGUAAAAUCAUUGGAAUACUAUAUAACUACAAGUGAAGGGUAGUUGAGUUUGAAAUUAGGUAACCAUUUUAUUUAUUGAACGACAAAUAUCGUGCAAUUACAUAUUGAGUGAAGAAAAUUAUAUACAAUCACGAUAUUUAUUUAUGAGACUUAAAAUUAAACUUAUGUCAAUAAUUAAUCUUUUAUUUCCUAUACAUAAUACUCCCUCGCUCCUAAAUUAUAAGUUGUUUUUGAGGGAAAUUGUUUCAAAUUAUAAUAAGUAAGUUUUACAGUAGCAUAUUUUUUCUAUCAUAUUCUUAAAUAUUUCUUACCUUUCUAUUUUAUUAAUGAAAGGUAAUUUUAUCAAAUGACUCAUAAUUUCGUUUUCUAAUACAAAAUUAACAAGGUAGAAUUUAACAAACAUACCUGAAGAUCAAAAAUUCCUAGCCAAGGAACAUAAUCAGCCAGAUUAAAAGCUCCAAUCAAAGCCAAUCCUUCUUGAACCAAACUCUUCAAGUCAAAUUGCUCAUACUUACUCCGACCAAACAUCAACUUAUACACAAUAUCUUCUAUUAGAUUCUCUACAACCUCACUAACAUUCACAACCUCACCAACCAAAGCAGCUUUCUUCAAAGUGUUAACCAAAAUACUCAACUCCUCUUUUCUAAUAGGACCAGACAUCUCAACUUUUGAAGCACUAAGAAGUUUCAAAGUGCAAAAUUUCCUCACACUACGCCAAUAAGGACCAUACUCACAAAAAGCCAUCCCUUUGGAACCAUAAGACAUGAGCUCAGAUCCUUGAAUCUUUGGUCGGCUUGCGAAAACGAUGUCGUGGGUUUUGAGGAAUGAUUCUGCUGCUUUUGAAGAUGAAAUGACAAUAGCUGGGACUUGACCAAGUUGUAAGGACAUGAUUGGACCAUAUUUUUUGGAGAGUGACUGAAGUGUUCUAUGUGGAAGGGUGCCUAAUAUGUGAAGGUUCCCUAUUAUUGGUAGUGUUGGUGGACCUGGUGGUUUUUCAUGGAUAAUGGUUUUUUGUUUUGAAUGUAAGAAGAGUUUGAAUAGAAAGUACAUGAAAGUGAAGAGAAGAAAAGCAAAUAUUAUUGUUGUUACUGCAAAAGACAUGUCUACAAAUGAAUGGUUGGGUUGUACGUAAUAAGGUUGAAGAUAAAGACUAUAUAGAACUCCAAGUUGAUCUCAUAUUAUCUUGAAACUGGUGGUAUACGUUUGUUUGUGGAAUUGUUUUCUUGACAUGUAUUUGUGGAAUUGUUCGUUGUGAGAUAUUUCUUCCCCGAAAAUAAAAGAAUAAAGAUAGCUUCUGUAACCAUAUUUUUUCAAUUGCGGCCACUAUUUUUUCAAAAAAAUAUAAUGACGCAACUAAAAUACGCGUGACCACUAUUUUUCCAUUUAAUUAACCAAAUAAAUUCGGUGAAAAUAAUGGUCACACAACUGAAAAAUAUAGUCACACAUACCAUAUAUUUAGUUGACUUUAAAUUUUUAAGAAUGGUAGAGCAAUCUAUCAUUGCUCAAAAUAAAAGUAUUGACUAUUGAGUUAUUUAUGACGGGCCCCUUUUCUGCAGCGCCAUAUACCCAAUCAGGAUGAUUGAUUUUGGUUAAAUAUUUAUGACUAUUGAAAAACUGGUGGUGUGCAUGUUUGUUUGUGUAACUUUCUUAAGGGAAAAAGGAACGUGCUCAGUGCCGUAGUGUUCUCAAAACAUUUAUUAAUCAACCUACUCCCUCAAUCAUUGCUUCUUUUUUUUUUCCAUACAUUUAUUAACAAAAUAUAUAUUUCCUCCGGUCACAUUUAUAAGUAAAAAAAACUACUCUUUAGAUAUAUUGAAUAGUUAAUGUAUCUAACCUAUAAAUGUGGCCGGAUACAUUAAUUAUUCAAUGUAUCUAAAAUGUGAUUUUUUGCUUAUAAAUGUAACCGGAAUGAGUAAUUUUUUAGAUUAACAAAAAAUAAUUAAAGUAAAUAUUUUGUAAGUAUUUUGUCAAGAAAAAUCUAAUAACAUCUUUAUCUUAUAUAUUAAUAGAAAAAUAUAAUCAAAUAUCUUGUAUGAAUAGUAUACAUAGUAGACCAAGGGAGUAAUAUAGUAGUAGCAUUAGUCAAAUUUGAGUUUGAGUUGGACUGUCAAAAUUACCUAUUCUUGACGUGAAGAUAAAAGAAGUGUAGAUUGGCUCGCUAAUUUCAACAUUUUGAUGGAUUUUCUAGAUUUUCAUAUUAUGGAGAAUCCCCCUAGUGAGUUUCAGAGUCUUUUGUUUGAUGAUAUUUUCAAAGCUUGCAUACCUAGGAACGUCCGUUUAAUUUCUUAAUGUAGAUUUCAAGUCUUUUGUUUGUUUAAUGUAGAUUUUCGUUGAAUUUGUUUGAUGGGAUUUUUUUAUGCAUUUUUUUCAUGAGUUCAGUGAUGAUUUUUUUAAUUCAAACUUUGGAAAUGGAUGUGAUAAAGGGUAAGAGAGAGAAUUAUAAUAUAUAUAUAUAUAUACAUUUGAAUUAUUUAUGAAACAAAUUGACUAAGAUAAUUUUCAAAUGCCACAUAACAUAAUUGAAAGGCCAUUUGUUCAAGUUCUAGAAACAAUGUUUUAUGUAAAAAAUAGGAUAGAAUUGCGUACGAUACGCCAAAUGUCGAGACCUCUUCUUGACUUUGCGUAUGCGGAAGCUUUAGUGCACCAGACUGCACUUUUUAUAAUAAAAAAAAUCCUGACUCGGUGCCCCACAUAAGCUAAUUUGUAUACUAAGCUCUAAAAUCAAAUAAUAUUCAAAUGGCAACGAAGAAUCUCAAACUUUUUUUCGAGGAAUAACUAAAACUCGCCCAAAUGACAGGAAAAACACUAGGACAGAUCAUGUUAGUUUUAAUUCAAGUUAGAUGGUUUUAACUCAAGUUAGUUGAUCUUUAGAAAGAAAAAAAAAAAACUCAAGUUAGUUGAGAUUAAAUCAUGGUUAGAAUGUUUGUUGGAAGACUUGGCUAUUAGUUAGCAAAAUCAGUUCAGUUUGUUUUGAUUGCUUACUAAGCAAGCUAUGUAAAUAAGCUCUUUAUAAGCAUGUUGUAAAUAUUUUUUCACAACUUAAUGAGAAUACAAUUUUACAACAAUCAAUUACUCUUCUUCUUUCUCUCAGUUCUCUCAAUUUCUCAACCCUAAUUUUCAUAGAAACUCUUGCUUGCAUUGCAAGAAACUUAAGUUACAUUAUCAAAUUGGCAUCUAGAGCCACUAGUUCUAAUCUAAGGGAAAAAGAAUACUUCAAUCACGCAAAGAUUUAGGAGCAUAAAUGGUGUAACUGAAACCACGAAUGGUAAUAAUAGUUUCAAUACUCAUCUUCCAAAUCUUAAAGGUGGAAAUUGGGAAAGAUAGAGUCGUGUGAUGAAGAUUGUGCAAAAUGGUUUUGAUGAAUUGGGUUGGAAUGCAACUGAAGUACAAAGAAUUGCACAUAAGGAGUUAAAGAAGAAGGAUUGCAAAGCAGUGUUCUUCAUUCAACAAGGUGUUGAUGGAGGAAAUUUUGAUAAAAUUUCUACGGCUACAAGAUCAAAGGAAGUUUGGAUAUUCUAGAGAAAUAUCAUGAAGGAGAUGAGAAGGUGAAGGAGAUAAAGCUUCGGUCUUUAAGAAGGAAAUUUAAGUUGAUGCAAAUGGAAGAGGAGCAAAAGAUUCUUGAUUACAUCUUUAAGUUGAUUAAUGUUGUACAAAUGAAGGCAUGCAGUGAAACAAUCUCUGAUUAACAAAUUAUUGAGACGAUCAUAAGAACACUAUCUCCAAGAUUUUAUUUUAUAGUGGUGGCCGUAAAAAAAUCAAAGGAUGUGAAAACUUUGAAAAUUGAAGAAAUGCAGAGUUCAUUGGAGGCACGUGAAUUAAUAAUGUCUGAAAGAAGUAGUGAAAGAUCAAUUCAACAAGCUUUACAAGUUCAAACUGUGAAGAAGGAUGAAUAUGAUAAAAAGAAUUUCAAGAAAGGCAAAAGUAACUCUAAGGGCGAAACUGGUCAAAUUCUAAAGAGAAGAACAAAGCCAGUGAUAAAACUGAAUCUUCAAAAGGAGGAGGUUCUGGUAAUUAUCAAGGCAAGAAGAAAGGCUUUGAUAAGAAGAAGAUAUGUUGUUAUAAUUGUGAAAAGUUUGGUCAUUAUGCUUCUGAAUGUUGGACCGGUAAACGGAAGCAAGUAAAGAAUGAAGAGGAACAAGCCAAACUUUCACAAGAAGAUUUAGAUUAUGAUGCAGUCUUGUUAAUGGUGAAAACAACCAAUAAUGAAAGUCGUAAGUCAGAUAGAUGGUUUUUAGAUAAUGGUUGUUCUAAUCAUAUGACUGCAAAUAAGAAUUGGUUGAAAGAAAUCAACACGGGAAGAAACAGCAAGGUGAAGCUUGCAUAUCAUAGAACACUAGUUGGAAAAGGCAUGGGAAAGAUUGUUAUUGAAAGAAAGAAUGGAAAAUUAAUAGUAAUUUAAGAUGUGAUUUAUAUUAUGGGGAUGUAAUGCAACUUGUUGAGUGUAGGUCAAUUGGUGCAAAAGGGCUAUUCAGUAACAAUGAAGGAUAACUCUUUGAAAUUGUUUGAUAAAAAUCAAAGGUUAGUUCUGAAAACUCCCCUUGCAAAGAAUAGGACAUUUCAAACUGAUAUGAAAACUACUGAUCUGAUACUAUAAAAAAUGAAGAUAGUUAGUUAUGGGACUACAGAUUUGGUCAUUUAAAUUUUAGAAGUCUUAAUCAGUUAGUUGACGAAGAAUUGAUUUUAGGAGUACCAAAGUUGAAUAUACCAGAGAAAAUAUGUGAUAUUUUUUUUGAUAAACAAGCAACCUAGAAAUGCAUUCAGUGCAAAUACAACUCAUAGAUUAACAGAGGUGUUGAAUGUAGUAUAUUCUGAUGCAUGUAGUCCAUUAGAAGUUCCUUUAAUGGGAGCAGGAAGAUUUGGCUAUUUCUGAUUAAAGCAAAGAGUGAAGUUUUUGGUAUAAUCAAGAAGGAGAAGUGCUCUAGUUGUUCCUGCAAUAUUGAUGAAGAACGAGUUCAACAAGAAGUUGAGAUUCAGCAGGAGCCUCCCAUAACAGUUAAUCAAAACAUCAGAGUCUCACAAAGGAAAAGGUUUGUAUCUUCUAGACUGAUCCACUUUAACCUUUAAAACGUGGCCGACAGAAUAAUUAUCUUUGGAGUAAUUAGUUCUGGUGUGUGUCAUUUACUCAUAUUUGUUUUAUGCAUCCACUUUAAUUCAAUGUAUUGAGAACAUCUUGAACAAGUCUUAUCUAUUAUACCAAUGUAUGAACCACUAAAAUUAUUUAUAAUAUAUAAACACAAAUUUAAGUUGAAAUAAACAUUCAAGUUGAAACAACGGAGUUCGACUAAAAAUUAGCAUGAAUACUUAAAUCAUUACAUAUUUAACAACUAUUAUAAAUUAUGAAACUUUUUUUUUCGUACAUUACAAUUGUUAACGGAAAGAAUUUCCAGUUGACAGAACAAUAUACGGGAGAUUUGAAACUCAUGUAAAUUCGAAAGUCUAUAAGUCUUCGCUAACAUGCCAAGUAUAAGUAUCACAAAACUCACGUAUGUCACUUUUGAAAUUGCGGAAAACUAUAAUCGUUAAAAGAUAGAUCUAUAAUUAUUUAAAUUUUUAGGUUGGCCACUACACCACUUUACGAAAAUUUGAAUCAACCGUAACCAAAAAUUGACACAAAAUUGUAUAAAAUAUCGUAAAAUAGACCUAUAAUCGUUAAUUUUUUUAUUUUUCCGGAUGCCCCAUAUGGCUCCACUUGAAAGAACACCAUUCUUGUGUAAAAAAUAAUAAAAAUAAAUUUAUAAUAGUAACCGUACUUGUGUUUUUGACAACUGUUUUUUUUUUCCUAAACAUAAAUUCUUUUUUUUUUUAAAUAAAUUUUUUUAUACACUUUCAUUCAUUAUAAAAAGUGAUAAAUUGUUAUUUCUCAACUAUAUUUUAUUUCUGCAUGCCAGUUUAUUGUUAUGAGUUUUUUUUUUAAAAGACUUUAUUGCACUACAAGAAAAUUGCCAUAUAUCUAUGGAGGUUUAUAGUGACGGACUAAAAUCCGUAGGUAUAUAAGUUUUACCUACGGAAGUGGCCAUAGGUCUAUCUUAAAAAAAAUAAAAAUAAAAAAUAAAUAGUAAUACAAGAGAGUGCGCCUAAUGAAAACUAUAGACCGGGAAAGAUCCCGCUUUUUCCAAUUUUUUCCACCUCUAAAUUGAAAAUAUAUAAAAAAAACUCUAAUAAAAACAAAAAAAAAACCCAACUCUUCACGUUCAAGAACACAAUUUCAUUUUUCACCCGUUUCAGAAUCCAAAUCAAAAUCUCACUCUUCCAAAUCCUGAAAUGGCCAAAUCAAAACCUCACCUUUUUUUCCCUGAUUGAAACCUCAGCCUCUCUUGUUCUUCCCCGUUCCCAAAUUGCAACACUUUUCACACCCAAAUCGAAAUCCUUGAAGAUCAACUGAAAGAAUCUGAAGUCAAAUCCCUCUGUCUCAAAGCAAACGAGAUCCUGUAAGCCAUCAAUUUUCACGUUUCUUCUGUUUUUACUUUCUGUAAGUCAUCAAAGGACAAAAUUCUGUUAUUAGGUUUUCACUAUUUUUACUUGAUUUUUUGAUUUAUUUUUACUAUAAUAUUUGUUGAUUUUUUGAUUUGUUUUGAUUAUGUUUUUAGUAUGAUAGUAACAAUUAUCUUUCAAGGGAAGUUAGUAGGUUUAUUUUUUGAUUUGUGUUGAUUUUUUUAUUUGUUUCUUUUUACAUAGUAGCAACAAUUAUUUUAAUGAAAAGUUAUUUUAUUUUUAGGAUAUCUUUCAAGGAGAUUUAGUAGGUUUGGGGAGUGUCGUUCGAAGAUACAAUUAAUAGAGUGGACGGUUGUUGUUAUUAGUCAAUUAUUUGAAUAUAAUUUUUAUAUCUUCUAAAUAAAAAUGAGAAUAAUUGAUAUAUAUAUAUAUAUAUAUAUAAUCGAGUCAGUUCAUGAACUAAACGAGUCGAACUAUAUAUAGUUCAUGUUCGACUCAUAUAAUUAACAAACUUAAUUUUCAUCUCAAAUUCGAUUCAUUUGAAAAUUCUAUGUUUUAAACUCAUAUUGUGAAUCUUCAACGUUGUAAAAUGAAAAUCGAACGAUUACAAAUUACUCUUGGGGUAAGAAUAAUAGAAGAUAACUAGCAAAGUUAAAAAAAAAUGUUUAGGUUGUUAUUUGUGUCCUACUAGAGUACUAGUAUUUCUUGAACUCUAGAAAUUAACUAAUUUUUCAAUUGUAUUAAUACCAUAUUUUGUUUUAUACAUGAGUUAAUUAGCUGACUACCUCAUUUAUUUCUUUUCAAUAUUUAUUUUCUUUGUUUGAAGUUUAAUAGUUUGUUGUUCUCUACGAAAGCAAAAACUAUUUUUAUAUUUUAUUUUUUAUUCUUGAAUUGUAAUGUCAUCUUGUGUAUUUCAAGUCCAAAAUGAGUUGAUUUUGCAUGGUUGACCUGAUUUGGUAUUCUCUCAUUGCUUUAGUCCGAUCUUUUAAUUUACCACACAAAUAUUGUUUAUCCUCUAAAUUACCACACCCUUCCCAUACAAGAUUGAGAGGUAGUCAUAAUCACUCCUCUCACAUAUAAAUUGUCAAUCGUUGGAAGGCGGUUGAGAAGAAGACGCCACAUAAAAAGAUUGAUUUGCAGAGGAACAUCUUUAUGUCAGAAUACACGGGAAUAGUAAGUUGUCGCUGAAUUGAAGCACUAAGUAGAAGAAAUAGCACUGCCUCUUCUCUGCUAACAUUCAUAUCAACAACAUGAGAUGGUGUGGUAAAGGAGCCAUGAAAAAUCAAUCGGAUCCUUGAAGUGCAUAGAUAUUAAGAUGUGCUCUUCAGCCCAAGAAAAAGGCACACCACGAUGGAACAUGAUAAAAUGGACAAAGGAGAGGAAUGCAAUAUAGGCACAUACAAAGCUUCCCUAAGAACAUAUUUCAAAUCAUUAUUAGAUAUAUGAAUAAUUUUUAAAAGAUAUUUUAGUUUACAUUCAAUACCAAAUUAUUUUUUAAAUCAAUAUGAAUUAUAUAAUUGGUUUGAAUGAUAAUGUAUAAUAAAUCAUGCAAUUACAAAAUUAAAUACACAUCCACAUUUUUUUUAAUGAUUUUAUCAACAACAUAAAUUGAUCCUACCAUACAUUAUAAAAAAAAUCUUUUUUUAUAUUUGAGAGGCAUACACUACAAAUAUAAAAAAUUCCUUGCUAUCUUCUUCCAUAUUGAAAGGAACACAUCAAUUAGGCAAAUAAUUGUCGAAUUAUUAACAGAAAAUAACUUCAAAUUCAGCUUUGCAAGCCAUCUACUUGGAAAAGCAUCGAAAUCCAUCCAAGAUUCAACAAUGAGAGAUAAUUCAAACCUAUAUUUGACAAUAAGCCUUUUGAGAGCUAAUUUUGAUAGGGAACUUGCUAUACCUGUAAUAUUCUAGAAUUGGAAAAGCCAACCUUUAAUCUGGUGUUGUAUUGCUUUCUUAAUUUCUCAGUUUUGUUUUGUUUGCACCAGCAUCUGAAUUCGCAUUUCAAUACGGUUUAUAGCAUUGACGAGUAAGUUCAUUCAUAUUCCUCAAAUAUUCAUGAUCACCAUUGUCACAUUCGCAUUUUAAUACGGUUUUUAGCAUCAAUACUAUGUUCCGAGUUAGUUGUUCCACAAGCAUAAGACAUGUCAUUAACAUUGCCAGAAUUAUUCAAAGUGUUGUUAUAAACCAUUUCAGCUCUUUUUUUUUUUCCUUUUCUAUAUGUAUCCUUUAGGUUCACAGCUCCAAUAUUAUUAUCUGUGUAUAUUGUCUUUAGAUUACACAAAGAUUUUCUUCUAAUCCUAUUUAGGUUUUAUUCUAUUAAGGGUCCGUUUGCUACAGCUUUUUAUAAAAAAAAAAAAAAUCACUUUUUUUAAUCUUGCAUCUUUUUAUUCAGAUUUUCAAAAAAAAUUAAAAUCUGAAAAUAAUCUAAAAACAGCUUCAAAUGAGUAGCUGUUAUGAGCAGCUUUUUUUUUUAUAGAUUAUUUUUAGAGGAGAGAGAAAUUUGUUACGAGAUUUUAACAAAAAAAAAAGAUAUGUUUAAAACAAACUAAAAUUCCAAUCAUAUCCUUGUUUUGCUAUAUAUACGCAAAGACUAGUCUUCCUUUUUUCACAGCCUAUUCGUUAUUCUUCUCUCUAUUCUCUAAACAAGUGAAGGUUAGCAAUUUUAUUAUCUUUUUGAUUCAUUCAUAAUUGAACCUGUAUAUUUUUUUUUCAUGUUUCUCUUCCCAUUAUCAUAUAUUUUGUGUUGUUUUUGUCUAUUUUGGAUGUUUUUUAUGUUUGUAUAUAUCAUUGUUGCUUCUAUUUUGCGGUGCUGUUGAUGUUGGGUUUUGAGGGUAAUUGUUUGGGUGCCCUGCCAUGGCGUGGGGCUCGUAUAUAUAUCAUAAAUUGGAACCACUAUAUAGUUAUUAUUAUCAAGGAAAAUGCUAUUUUUUUACGAAAACCAAUGGCAAGAAAUCGACAAACGCUUUUGUAUUGUGCUAUUUCACCCACUGCUUGUCUCCUACUCUUGUAGUAUUCUGUCAAAUGCUAAUUAAACUGAUGAAUAUUUGUUAAAUUUUUAUAAAAAUAUAAUAUGAUACUUUGUAUUCGGCAAUAUGAGUGUAUGUAUACAAGCAGAUUAAAUUAUGAACAAAUGCUAGUGAUAAAUUUAUCAUUCUUGUGUUUCUUGUGCAAAAUAUAUGUGGAGUAAUAAUUUGGUAAAUCAACAAUUUUAUGGCAUGCUUAACUAUUCAUAUUUUGUUUACAUAUAUAACAUUGUUUGAUCCCUAUUGUUAGAUCACUUUAGUUAGGUAUUGAUUCAGGUUAAAUUAUGAACAAAUGCUAUUAUCAAUAUGUAGUAGCUAAAUAUCAUAUAUAUAGUAUCAUAGGAUAUGGAAGAACAAUCCAUCUUUUUCAACUAAUCAUUUUGCUCGUGUUUUAACAACGUAAAUGCAUUUUUAAUUAACAUACUUGUUUUCAUACAUAAAAAAGUAUUUUUUUUUUUUUUGGACAAACAUGUUAUAUUUGAAAGAAUUUUUUUUUGUGUCCUUUAUGGUAAUUUUAUAAUAAAAAAUCACUUUUAGAAAGUUGUAUCCAAAUAAACUAAAAAUCACUUUUUUUUUAAAAAGUGAUAUUUGACAUGGUAAACAAACAUAAAAUAGAUUCUGAUUUUUUAAAGAAUCUCUAAAAAUUAUCUCUAAAUUAUUUUAUUUUAAAAUCACUUUUAUUUUAAUCCGUAACAAACGGACCCUAAUUCUCUUAAACUUCACCAUAUCCAUGGUGGAAUCAGAGAAAAUGCAGAAGCUCAACGAAAAAGAAAGAGAGAAAAUUAGAUCAAAUUCUAGAUUCAUUGAAUUGAUCUGAAAUUGGUUACAACAAAGCUAUAUAUAGCUGUAUAUGAUCCUAACUAACUCUAAAAAACUAUUAGCUAGCUAGGAUUAGAAUCAUAUGAUGCUAGUACACAGUAAAGAUCUAUGGAAUGGCAGAGUAAUAUGCUGCGCAAGCUAUCUAAUAUUACAAGUAAUCACACAAUUUAAAAAAGAAGAAAAAGAGAAGGAGAGUGCACAAACAAAUAUUGGCGCCAGAUAAAUUGUGCAUAACCAGGAUAAUUAGGGAACCUUGCUAAAUAUAUUGGUACUCUCUGGUGGUUUGAUUUUAAUAAUUUGGAGAAUCAACUAAGUUCGAUGAUGAGGCCGAGGGAGGCAUGGUGGAAAAGAAGAAUUAUACAAUUGCAUUGUAGAGAUGAAAACGUAGCUUGGCAAAACAUGAAAACAAUGAGCUCUAUCUGAACGUUAAUGCAAAACAAUUUCACGCCGAUAGUGUAUAUUCACUAAUAUUGCCCAUUUUCACAUCAGAUGUGUUCGACUCAGGCACAACCACCCUUCAUUUGUGCAACGUCUGCAAGAAGUAAAUCAAUCACUUUGCUCUAGCUAGAAUCAUUAAAAUAAUAAGCAUUUCAGAGUUUGAGAGAUUAAGAAUUCUAUUGACUUUGUUUUAUGUCGAAUCCUAGUUCUUAUCACGAAUUAUUAUAAACAAACUUCCCAGACACAGGGAUAUUUAUGACAAGUUCACUUACUGAACAGAUAAGAAACAAGAAUUUGAAAUAAAACAAGGAUGAGUUCUUAAAUAUAUUCAGUGGAAGCUAAUUUGUGAAGGUAAUCAAAUAUUAUAUAUCCUCAAGCUGAAGUCCCUUCUAAGGAUCAUUCAUGUGUGCUGAUGAUAAUGAACUCAAAUUUGUUGAGACUUCAUCUGUUGCUUUUUUUCGCACGACUGUUGCACCGGACUAUUCAUUAACUUCUCAAGUCCUUUGUGGUUGUGUGUAUUGCUUAGUGGAUGGUUACAUCAACGGUAUAUACUUCUCUACCCCCUUCCAUUUAGUAGAUAUUGUAAAACCAAGGACAACCUCCUGAGGCUUAGGAGAAGCUAUAUAUAACUCUUUUCAACAUCUGUUAUUAGUUGGAAUUAAGUUCGGCUCAUGUGUUGGAUCACCAUUAUUCACUGCCUUCUUUGGAGAUUGAUUUUUCAGGCCAAAAUACAUUCAGUCCCUUGCCUGUAUGUAUAAACAAAAUACACUCAAUUCCUUUAUAAAAUCUUACCAUACAUCUACAAUAUACUAUUUUUUCUUUGCUAUAAGGAUGGAAUUUUAAAUGUUUGGUGAAAAACUGAUAUGUGAAGGUAAUUAGCAUUAUAAAGUCCUGAAAAUCAACUCCAACCACAAGAAGGUGGAAAGAGUAUUACUUUGUUGAAGCAUCCAAUAAAAAGAAAGCCGACUAAAGUUUUGAUAUGUAUGUUAAAAUAAAUUAGUUUGACGAGGCAGAAAAUUCAUGUUAAAGUAUUCACUAAGAUAUGAACUAUGCCUUACCCUUGAAUUAACCAUAACCAGCACAAAGCUAUCAGUUAGAGGAAAUUGAAAUCUUCAGCAGCAAACUUCAUUCCUAAUAUUGCUUAACAACGUCGCCAAUUCUGGCUAUUGGUGUUUCCCCUGAUCGAACAUGAAAUUCCGACUCUUUCAUAAAUAUAUUAUACAUGAAAGGGCUAUUUCAUAAAUGAAGGACCAUCACCUGCAUAUUUUCAUGGAUACAUGUAUUUAAAUUGAAAUCAAGUAAUAUAUGUUAAAAUUAAUACUAUAGGAAUGAAGAUCUAUACCAUAUCAAUACCAGCAUCAAUGGAAGUGGAAACGCGAUAACGAUAAUCUGACGUAUAAGGUUGACAAUUUUAAUCGAUUUUGUCUCAGACAAAAGACAAAAUCACAAGGUUCACAUAAAUCAAGUCUCUUAAAAAAUGUCUUCGUUCCAAUAAAUAAAUUUUGGGUAACCACGAAUAUUCAAAAACUUAAGUGAAGUGAGGUGUCAAAUACCUUAUGGCAGGGAUCUCAAUUCCUCACAUUCAAGAAUAUCCAUAGUUCGAAGCGAAAUAAGUGUCACCUGUUCAGUUUCAUAGGAGAUGCUCUCUGUAAGUGAUAUGACUAAUGCUAAUAUACUAAAAUAUAAAGAGUUAAAAGAUAAAAAAUUCACUUUGUUAUCAAAUUAAACGGUUGAUUUCUCAUUCAUAUCAUCCAAAAUCAUCACCUCUUAUAGUUUCUGUGGUUUAGCUGAAGCAUCCUCUUGCUUUCAGGAAAAACAGUGGACACAACACAACUUGAUCAAUAACAUUGUUCGACACAAACAUGGCUGCGAUUUAGCAGCAUUCCACAACAUAUCUGACACAAACAUAAUGAAAUAACAUGAGUGACUCGACUAGAAUCAUGAAAUAGCUAAAUACACACCUUCCUAAUGAAGAGCUGUAUACACACCUGGCUAAUAGCUUGAACCAAGAAUUUUGAUUUGUUGCAUUAACAAGCUCAGCGUCAAUUCUAAAGAUAUGGCCCAAUUCUCACAAUAAUUUUACUCGUAGACAUAUUCCAUACAAAAACAGAGAAAGCAAGUGAUUCCUGCAUAUAGAAAUUUAAAUUAGAAAGUAAUUUGGGGAUAAGAAGAUGCAGGGAAGAGAUAAAACUAGCAUACAUCUUCUUCCAGAUAAUUGUCUUGAGAAAUGCUUAGAAAUCAAAUAUGCAUGAAUCAACAGAGUUUAGUGCAUGCAUCAACAGCCAUCAAUAUUCUUUAAAAAUUAGCAAAUAACAUACCAAGACAAUUUUAGUACUAUGAAAUUCUGAACAAAAUUCUGACUCAAAGCCAUAGAAAGAUAAAUUCUCAACUAAAUUUGUCCUAAAGGAUCACCUAAAAUCUGUACCAACAAAUUAUACUUAUUAUGUAUGCAGGUCCACUCGUCAUGAACUAAGUUUGUAAUUAAAAAGUGUGGCUAGCAAUCAUUGAUGUAGUUAACGUAUUACAAAUAUUGCGUCAUCAAUGCUCUAAUCACAGUGCCGUAAAAAUAAAUCAAAAUGUUCAAAGAAUUAUAAAAGGGACAUAUACCUCUGGAAAACAUUGAAAAUCUCCUGUCAGGGAGAGAACUCUAUCAGGAACCAUUGCUGCUAUUUUACAAGCUAUCAUAGAUCAUGUUUCAAUAGGCAAACAAUAUUAAAAAUAAACUCAACCUAAUCAAAUCUUAGGAAAAACCAUCUGAAUUUUAACUAAAUCAAAACUCAAUAACACAAAAUAAUAACCGGUUGAGCGCCCAAAAACACGAGCCUUUUUCCAACCUAAAUGACCCAACAAAGUAAUUGUAUCUUUUGCCAUGAUCUUUGUAAAUUAUUCAAAUUAAUGUAGCACCAACACUUCAUAUUGAUGACAUGUCUGAUGUUUAGAUACUGAUAUAACACCAAACCAUAUAAUUUACAUUCAAAAACUUUCAUUUCUUCAAAAUAUUAUCAAACAAUAUAUCAUUCAAAUAAACAAUCUAAAGCAAAUAAAUACAAAAGACCAAUAAAAACCUUGAUGAUCAGACUUUCUAUUGUGUACAGAGCUCCGACCCACGCCCCAAUGAUCAAAAGCGAAAACCUCUACCACCACCGGACUCAUUGUCACAUCCUCCACUCCGAACGAUGUCAUCUUCAUCAUUAGGAACCUAUUAAUCCAUUUAUUUGUCGACCCCACCCUUGUGUGUCAAAGGAAAUCCUAACCAUUCAAUUCAAUCUCCACAAAAUCAGCAAAAUUUAAAAAAAUUUCAAAAAAUAAAAGUAAAAUUGAAUAAAAAUAAAGUGAAUUGAGGCAGAUAAGGGGAAAUAGAGAUCUUACCAGUUAAGUGAAUUGAAUUUUGCGAUGGUGAUCGAGGCCAGAUAAGGGUAAACAACAUACGAGUAAUCAGACUUGCUAAUCCCAUGGAAAAUCAUGAAUAUCUCUUUUUGGAAUAUGAGCUAUCUUAGGUAGAAUAUCUUUCAUGUACUCUGGAUCUCUUCCUGCAGAAUGGGUUCCAAAGAUGUCGACAAUGAGAAUAAAAAUAAAGAUUUUUGAGCAGUUGAAAUCCAAACAUAAGAAGGGGAAAUUGAGAUCCUACCAGUAAAAUUGAUUUUUGCGAUGGUUAAUGAGGCAGAUAAGGGUAAACGUCUCUGCUUCUUAAAACUGUAUUUUUGGAAUAUGAGAUAUCUUGUCCCAAUCCUCCCCUGUUCGCUUCUUGCAUCGUUCCUUUAAUGUUCGGCAACCAAUGAUAGUCAGAAGCUCAAGAGAAGUGAGGUGUCGAAUACCCUCCGGCAAACAUCGCAAUCCUUCACAGCUAUAAAUAUGUAGAGUUCGAAGGGAUUGAAGACCUUCCCAAUUUUGCUCUGGUAAGGACUCCAACUCAUUACAAUAACAGAUACACAGAAGCGUCAAAGCUGGGUUAAAGGUUUCAUUUGGUAACUCCUUCAGUUUUGGGAAAUUAUAUAUUCUCAGAGAUUGAAGAGAAGUAAGGUUUUUGAACAUCCCCUCUGGGAAGGAUGUUAUUCCUUCACCCCCAUUUACGAAAAGCUGAGUAAGACCACGGAAGGUAGAGAUUGACCUCAGUAACUCAUUGUUACAUUCCGAUACAGUGAGGGAUUUAAGAGAUGGAAGACAUGGCAGUCCAAGUUUACGGCAUUCAGAGAUAUCCAACUUAGAAAGACAAGGAAACAUCUCCCCUCUUUCCACUUUCAAUAAACCCUCUAUGUUUGGUAACUGAUAUAAUACGAGUUCCUCCAGAGAUGGGAAAACCCUCACCUCCAUACCAUCCUCAGAUUCAUCAUCAUCCAAGUAUUUCAGAUUAUCCAUAUAAGAUAAUUCCAGGUUUUUUAAAGAUGGUAGUAUACCAAGUAACUGAAGCCGCACAACUUUCUUACAACGCUUAAGUUUAAGAGAAACUAAAUUACUAAGAAUAAUUAUCCAACUUGGCAAGGAUAAUCCCUCAUAGAAACUUAUUUUCAAGCAGUUGAGAUUUGAGUGAGGUUGAAGAACUUCAAGUACUUGCUCAACACUAACAACAGGGUUCUUUGGAAUUCCUUGUUUGUCUUUCCAUGACAAGUAUAAUUCAUGAAGGUCUUUUUUACCCAUCAAAUUAGCCGCUUCAGCUUCAAAUAACCUGCCAACAUUGUUUAAUCCUUGGAUAUGCAGUUUUCCACCGAGGUUUAGAUCACGUAACUCUGUCAAGCUAUUCCCUUUCUCUAAACUAACAAUGUACACACUUAAUGUUCUUAGACAAGUUAAUUUUCCAAUGUUAGGAAACAUGAGAGACAAAGACCGACAUACUUCAAUGACUAUAUGUCUAAGAUUUUGUAAGCAAGCCAAGCGUUUUGGGAGACAACUCAGUUUACGACAGUCUUUUAUUUUCAAGAUUUCCAGUUUUUGUAAGUUGUAAAUUGAGUCAGGCAACUUUUUUAUAUCAAGAGAACGAAGUUCCAAAUACCUUAAAUGAAUUAAACUACCUAGUAAUGGCUCUCGGAUAAAGGUUAUGCAUAAAACCCGAAGAGAAAGGUUUGUUGGGAAGUAAUCAUGUUUUUCUUUUGAAAAAGUACUACAAAACUCAAACCAUGUUCGCAAGGAUUCAACUAUUUUGAAAGCAUCCUUGUCGAAGGAUAACGAGUCUUUAUUGUCAAAACUAAUGUGGUGUGUGCUUUUUGACAAACUAGUCAAGUUUGCAUUCUCCAAAUACAUACAUUCUUGCCCCAUUACUGAUUGAGCAAGAUCAUGGACAAGGUCAUGCAUCUUGAAUGAAAUGUCGCCAGAAAAUUCAUCCAUUUUUCUAUCUUGAAAGAAUGAUUUUUGGUACAAUUCAUCCCACACCAUGAUGCCAACAUCUUCAACCUCCGUAGUACCCCUAGAUGAAAUCAAUCCAUUAGCCAUCCAAAGCCAAAUCAAUUCUUCCUUUAGGAUUUCUGCAUCUUUGGGAAAUAUAGCACAAAAAGAGAAACAUUGUUUUAGGGCUGCCGGUAAAUAAAAGUAACUCAACCUCAAAGCAGGCAAAAUGGAAUUUUCAUCUGAUAAAUCCCAAAGUUCACUGUCUUUAAUUUUAAGCCAUUCCUUUUCAUCUUUCCUUGAGUUCAUUAAACUUCCCAAUGAUUUUGCUGCAAGAGGCAAUCCAUUGCAUUUCUUUACUAUCUCCUUUCCUAUUGCCACGAGAUCAGCACGCUCUUCUUUGUGAUGUCCAAAUGCAUAUUGUUCGAACAACAACCAACAUUCACUAUCAGAGAGAGAAGACAAACGAUGAUGAGUUUGGUAUGUUCCUGUGAUCGUUGCAACAACUUCAUCACGGGUGGACACUAAAAUGGAACUACCUUUGGAUCCACAAGACAACACAGGUUUCAAUUUGUUCCAUUUCUCUCGUGUUAACCCUGAUUCCAAUUGUUGAUUUUGAUUCCACACAUCAUCCAAAACCAGCAAAUAUCUUUUCCCUUGCAACAAUCCUUGCACCUCUCUUUCCAUUACAGCAUAAUCAAAGUCAGGACACUUCUGUAAUGUGAUAGAUUCUAUAAUAGAACACAAAAUCCUCUUUACCGAGAAAGUCUCAGAAACACAAACCCAAAUUUUUUUUUCAAAAUUGCCACUCACCCUAACAUCAUUGUAGACCAAUUGAACAAGAGUUGUUUUUCCAACACCACCUAAACCAACUAUGGGAUAGACGGAAAGGAAGUCAGAGUCCCUUGCUUGGGUGAGAAGAAACUCAACAAUCUUUUCUUUAUCAACUUCUCGUCCAAACACUUUUGGUUCAGCAAUAAUGGAGCCGGUUUGGCGCCCUUCAGCUACUUGAUCUGGGAUUUCCCUAAGAGUGCCACCCAUCUGUAGAGAAAACUUGUUCUUACUUUCAGCAAUAUCAUCUAACCUCCUUGUAAUCUCUUUGAACCUGUUACCAAUCUCAUGGCGAAACAUGAUGUUCUUUGGUUUGAAAGAGGUAAAUCCUCUCAGUCGACAAGACUUGAUCGAGUACUCAUCAAGGAUAUCAUCGAGCACAUAAACACCAUCUUUGAGGUCUUGUAACCAUAGCUUAAUAGAGAGUUCUUUGAAUUGUUUCUUCUCAGCAUCUUCAAGAACAGCCUUGAUGUGAACUAAGUUGUUUGAUAGCUUUUGAACCUUUGACUUAAUUCCAGAAAUGGUUGAAAAUUCAUUUUGAAGGAGAGCCGUCAAAUUUUCAAACACAACUCCAAGCAAAGCGUCGGCCAUUUUUUUGUGAAAACAAAUUAAAGAGUUGAAAGUGAAAUGAUAAGAUGAUGAGAAAUUUGUUUAGAAAGAGUGAGUACUGAACCAAGCUGGAGACCUUUGAGAAUAAAUGCAAUGGUAGUAGGAACUCAGCAAGUAGGUGUUCAAUAAUUGUGGCCGACAGAACUAUUAUCGUGGUCCAUUAUUAUUGAUCCACUUUAACCUUUAAAACGUGGCCGACAGAAUAAUUAUCUUUGGAGUAAUUAGUUCUGGUGUGUGUCAUUUACUGAUAUUUGUUUUAUGCAUCCACUUUAAUUCAAUGUAUUGAGAACAUCUUGAACAAAUCUUAUCUAUUAUACCAAUGUAUGGACCACUAAAAUUAUUUAUAUUAUAUAAACACAAAUUUAAGUUGCUCUACUGUAAUAAACAUUUAAAGAAGUUGAAACGGCGGAGUUCGACUAAAAAUUAGCGUGAAUCUUAAAUCAUUACGUAUUUAACAACUACUAUAAAUUAUGAAGAAAAAAAUUCGUACAUUACAAUUGUUAAUUGAAAGAAUUUUCAGUUGACAUGACAAUAUACGGGAGAUUUGAAACCCACCUAAAUUCGAAAGUCUAUAAGUCUUCGCUAACAUGCCAAGUAUAAGCAUCACAAAACUCACGUAUGUCACUUUUGAAACCGCGGAAAACUAUAAUCGUUAAAAGAUAGAUCUAUGAUUAUUUAAAUUUUCAAGUUUGCCACUCCACCACUUUACGAAAAUUUGAAUCAACUAAAACUAAAAACCGACACAAAGUUGUAUAAAAUAUCAUAAAAUAGACCUAUAAUCGUCAAUUUUUUUUUCGAAUGGGCCGCCCCAUCCCAUGAAGGGCUCCGCCACCGGAAAGAACACCAUUCUUGUGUAAAAAAUAAUAGAAAUAAAUUUAUAAUAGUAACCGUACUUGUGUUUUUGACAACUGUUUUUUUUUUCUAAACAAAAAUCCUUUUCUUUUAAAAAUAAAAACUUUUACAUCAUUAUAAAAAGUGAUAAAUUGUUAUUUCCCAACUAUAUCUUAUUUCUGCAUGCCAGUUUAUUGUUAUGAGAUUUUUUUUUAAAAGACUUUAUUGUUAUGAGAUUACUUUGUGCAGAUUAGCCACUGCAAAGUGUCGUUCGAAGAUACAAUUAAUAGAGUCGGCGGUUGUUGUUAUUAGUCAAUUAUUUGAAUAUAAUUUUUAUAUCUUCUAAAUAAAAAUGAGAAUAACUAAUAUAUAUAAUCGAGUCAGUUCAUGAAUUAAACGAGUCGAAUUAUAUAAAUUUAUGUUCAACUCAUAUAAUUAACGAAUAUAAUUUUCAGCUAAGUUCGACUCAUUUAAAAAUUCAAUGUUUUGAACUCAGACUGUGAAUCUUCAACGUUGUAAAAUGAAAACUAAACGAUUACUAAUUACUCUUAGGGUAAGAAUAAUAGAAGAUAACUAGCAAAGUUAAAAAAAUGUUUAGGUUGUUAUUUGUGUCCUACUAGAGUACUAGUAUUUCUUGAACUCUAGAAAUUAACUAAAUUUUCAAUUGUAUGAAUACUAUAUUUUGUUUUAUACAUGAGUUAAUUAGCUGACUACCUCAUUUAUUUCUUUUCAAAUUUAUUUUCUUUGUUUGAAGUUUUAAUAGUUUGUUGUUCUCUACGAAAGCAAAAACUAUUUUUUAUUUUAUUUUUUAUUCUUGAAUUGUAAUGUCAUGUUGUGUAUUUCAACUUCAAAAUAAGUUGAUUUUGCAUGGUUGAGCUGAUUUGGUAUUCUCUCAUUGCCUUAGUCCGAUCUUUUAAUUUACCACACAAACAUUGUUUAUCCUCUAAAUUACCACACCCUUCCCAUACAAUAUUGAGAGGUAGUCAUAAUCACUCCUCUCACAUAUAAAUUGGUCAAUCGUUGGAAGGCGGUUGAAAAGAAGACGUCACAUAAAAAGAUUGACUUACAGAAAAACAUCUUUAUGUCAAAGUACACGGUUCUCAUCUGCAAUGAUAUUUUGAUUGGCUAAUUGUUGAAGGAAAUUAUAAACACUACUAAUAAUGUAAUUAUUUGAAGAAUGUAAAUUCCACCGCCACCUGUUAUUAACAUCAUCCUACGGGAACAGUAAGUUGUCGCUGAAUUGAAGCACUAAGUAGAAGAAAUAGCACUGCCUCUUCUCUGCUAACAUUCAUAUCAACAACAUGAGAUGGUGUGGUAACUGGUAAAGGAGCCAUGAAAAAUCAAUCGGAUCCUUGAAAAUGAACAAAGGAGAGGCACGUUGAAAAACGAAACAAGAGGAAUGUAAUAUAGAAACAUACAAAGCUUCCCUAAGAACACGUUUCAAUUCAUUAUUAGAUAUAUGAAUAAUUUUUAAAAGAAAUUUUAGUUUACAUUCAAUACCAAAUUAUUUUUAAAUCAAUAUGAAUUAUAUAAUUGGUUUGAAUGAUAAUGUAUAAUAAAUCAUGCAAUUACAAAAUUAAAUACACAUUCACAUUUUUUUUAAUGAUUUUAUCAACAACAUGAAUUGAUCCUACCAUACAUUUUACUUGUGUAUAAAUAGUGGCGGAGUCAGAAAGAAAAUCUCGUAUGGGUUAAAAAAAUUAUAUUGUAAUACAUAAUAAGCACAAAAUUGAUCAUUAAAAAAUUAAAUUACACAUGUUAAAAAUUUAAAAUAAUUCUCAAUGUGAUUCGAAUGAUUUAGAUUCAUCAAUAAUAGAUUAAAAUAAAAUGGGUUCUUAAACUGAAAUUGAAACCAAAUGGCUAGCUGCAAAGCAUAAGGCAAGAUUAGUGGCUAAAGGCUUUAUGCAAAAAGCUGAAAUUUAUUACUUUGAAGUAUAUGCAUUUAUAGCAAGACUUGAGACAAUCAGGUUGAUAGUUGUUAUUGCAUGUGAAAGGAACUGGCCACUGUACCACUUAGAUGUGAAGUCAUCAUUUCUAAAUGGUCCACUAUAAAUAUAUAUAUGAAGUUGUGUAUGUCACAAAACCUGCAGGGUUCAAAUUCAAAGAAAAUGAAGAUAUGAUAUUCAGAUUACAUAAGGCUCUAUAUGGUUUGAAGCAAUCUCUAAGAGCAUGGAAUAAGAGGAUUGUCAACUUUCUAGUGCAGCAAGAAUUUGUCAAAUGCAAAGCUGAAUAUAAUGUCUAUGUAAAAAAUAGCAAAGAUAGUAAUCUGGUGCAUAUUUGCUUAUAUGUUGAUGAUUUAAUAGUAACUGAUAGCAAUUUGGCUGAGAUAGAAGCCUUUAAAGGUCAUAUGAUGAAAAAGUUUAAUAUGACUGAUCUAGGAAAGUUAACAUACUUCCUUGGUAUGGAAUUCACUAAAACUUCUGAAGGUCUAGUUAAGCAUCAGAAGAAGUAUGCUUCUGAUAUUCUCAAGAGGUUCAACAUGUUGAACUGCAAUCCUGCAUCUACACUGUUCAAACAAAUUGUAGGAUCCUACAUUGCUCAUUGUUCAAACUAGUAAAGAAUGAUGACGAGGAGUUGGUUGAUUCUACAUUUUUCUAACAAAUUGUAGGAUCCUUGAGAUGUAAGUGCAAUAACUAGCCAACUAUAGCUUAUGUUGUUGGUAUAAUCAGCAGGUUCAUGAGUGAACCUAGAAGCUCUCAUCUACUUGUAGCUGAAAGAGUGAUAAGAUAUGAUGACAAUCAUUCAUUCGUUAUUUUUAGAGUCUUUUUAUGAUAUUUUUGAAUUCACAAGCAAGAUUAAGCAACAAGAAAAAACUGAAAAAGCUUAAAAAAGGCAUCGUGUCACGAUUACUAAAAAAACGUGACACGAUUUGGAGCUUUCAAGAAAUAUGCAUUCGGCAUUGGUGAAAACGUGUCACGAUGGCAAAAACGUGACACGGUUAUGGAAACCCUAAUUUGGGUGGUUUGUUACACAAGGAAGAAACGUGUCACGAUUUACAUAAAUUGUGCCACGAUUUUAGGAGCAGUUCUUGCCUAUUUAAGCUUGAGACAAUUCUGAAAACAAGGGUUACGAAUUGGAGAGAGCAAAGUGCGAUUUUGAGACCUAAAGACGGCUAGGAGGGCGAUUUCUUCAACCUUCUAUCAGUUCAUGUAAGUUUUGAUUCCAUUAAUGAUUAUGCUAUUUGUAAACUCGAUUAUGAGUAGCUAAAUCUCUUAGAGAUUAGGUCUGAAAUGAUUCUUUGUAACCCUAAUUGAACCAUGUUGCUGUGAAACUCUAUUUAUUGUGAAUGACAAUCUAGUUUUUAUUCAAUUCAAUUAUUCUUAAUGCUUUUUAUAUCUUGAUCAAAUAUAAACAUGAUUUAAUGAGAAUGAAUGACUACUGACCAUAGCUUUCUACUUAGACCUAAAUGAAUUGUUCUAACAAACAUGGUUAGUCUAGGAGUGGAUAAUCGUUUGUUAGAGAUAUUAGGUUAACGUUCUUAAACCUUCAAAGAUUAUUAGACCACCUAAGGAAUUAAGGGAUUGAUUAGCACUAUUUUGUUAACUAUCGCGGAACUAGAAAAUCAUUCAUAAGAAUAGGUGCAGUAUACCAAUUAGGGGAACAUAGAUGAUUCGAAAGACCUGAUCUCAUCUCUUUUCAUAUUUUCUAACCAAAUCUAUAUUUUCAAGCCGAAUCUUUAUUUUAUGUUAUUUAAUUUUAUGCAAUCAAAUCAAAUCUACAAACAAAAUAAUUUAUACAUCCUAAAUAUUUACUUUAUUGCUAAAUUGAGAUUAACACAGUCCUCGUGGAUACGAACCUAUUUUAUUACUUCGAUGCAUUUUUAGUACAUUUGCUAAAAGUUUAUCAAGAUACAUUAAGGGAACCAUAGACUAUGGUGUAAUUUUUCCUAAAUGUAUCAGCGAAGCUAACAUGGAGUUAAUUGCCUACUCAGAUGCAGAUUGGUGUGGAGAUAUGCAAGAUAGGAAAAGCACUUCAUGCUACUUGUUCAAAUUUCUGAAUGCUCCUAUAUCAUGGUGUACAAAAAAGCAACUUGUAUUAGUACUUUCAACUUGUGAAUCUGAGUACAUUGUAGGGUGUUUAGCAGCAUGUCAAGCAGUAUGGCUAGAUUAUGUGUUAAAGGAACUGAAUAUUGAAAUCUGCAAGCCUAUUGCAUUGUUUGUAGACAAUCAAUCUGCCAUAAACUUAGCCAAAAAUCAUGUGUUGCAUGGAAGAAGCAAGCAUAUUGAAGCAAAGUUUCAUUUUCUCAGAGAACAAGUGAACAAAGAGGCUCUCAAGCUCAUAUAUUGCUCAACUAAACUGCAGCUUGCUAAUCGGUUUACAAAGGAUGUGAAGAUUCAAAGAUUUAACGAGCUAAGAGGCUUGAUUGGAAUGAUGAAGUGCGAAAACUUGAAUUAAAGGAGGAUGUUAUAGUUUUAAUUCAAGUUAGAUGGGUUUAACUCAAGUUUAGUUGCGAUUAAAUAAUGGUUAGAAAGUAUGUUACAAGUUUCUUGAAAGACUUAGCUAGUAGUUAGCAAGUUAUGUAAAUAAGCACUAUAUAAGCAUGUUGUAAAUAGAUUUUCACAACUUAAUGAGAAUAUAGUUUUACAACAAUCAAUUACGCUUCUUCUUUCUCUUAAUUCUCUCUAUUUCUUAAUCCUAAUUUUCAUGAAAAUUCUUGCUUGAUACGAACACAUUGAUUUAUACUAUUAAUUUGAAGGUGUGUGUUGUGUUGUGUAUUAUUCAUUUCCUUGACUCCAUAUCCAAUGGAGACUCAAAUGUUGGCUAUUAAAAUAUAUAAACAACAAGCAAUAUCCAUUAGCUUAUUUUAUACGAACAUCAUUAUUAAACCUACUAUACUUGGCAUUUUUACUAGCAAUAAACUUGUUGAACACAACAUUGUUCUUGAAACUAUUUAUGCUUAGCAUAAUCCAAACGAUAACUUGGUAUUGCGUGCAAAUGCUGAGCUCUUGGUAUAGUGAGUCCAAAUUUCUCCUCCAUAUUCAAAUUGAAUGGACUAAUAUUAUGUGAAAGUUCCCAAUUAAAGCAAUGCACAAAUUGAGCUAUAACCAACUUAACAGUAGUUAAACCCAAUUGAAUUCCAGGGCAACGUCUACGACCAUAAUCAAAUGGUAAACUUUCAAACUCUUGUCUUUGAUAAUUCAUUUUCUUUUCAAUAAAUCUCUUUGGAUAAAAUUCUUCAGCAUUUUCUGACCAAACAUUAGGAUCUCUCCCUAUUGCCCAUGCAUUUACCAUAAUUCUCGUCUUUUCCUUUAUAAAAUAAUCAUCAAUUGUUAUGUUCUCUCUACAUUUAGGAGGGACUAGUAAGGGUGCAACAGGAUACAGUCUUAAGGUUUCAUCAACCACCAUAUCUAAGUAAUUCAACUUCUUCAAAUCCUUCUCUUCAACCAUUCUUUUAUUUCCUACUUCAUUUUGUAUCUCAUCUUGAAGAAUUUUCAUCACUCUUGGAUGCCUUAAAAGUGCAGAUAAAGCCCAUUAAAAUCGAGGUAGCAGAUGUAUCAAUUGCUGCCACUAUCAUGUCGAGCAAAAUAGCUUUGAUGUUAGAUCGAUCAAUUACGAGAUUUUGUUCACCCUCGACAUCAAUGGUUUGAUGCAUAAUUGAAAGAAGUAUGUCUACGAAAUCUUUAUGAUGAGUUUUGUUUACAUUAGCAGCUUGUAAUCACCUCUAGCACCUCAUCAAUUUCUUUACUGAGUUUCUGGCAAGAUCGUGUUAAUCCCUAACAAAGAGUUAAACUUAAAAUAUCAAUUAUUACAUCAAUAUUCUCAGUGUACUUAACAGAACCAUUAGAGCAUAUAUUUUUUUUAAGAGGAUUGUGUUCUCCAAUUUUCUUCUUGAUGACUGGGUCUGGAACCCACAACCCUAUAGGUGUAGGUAAAACAUCUUAUCAACUAAACUGCACUUCUAAAUCGAUAACAAUAUAUUUAAGGGAAUGUAAAAUAUUUAAAAAUUAAUCACCACCAAAACAAAAUUACAUCACCGAAAAAUUAUCAAAAAUUAAAUAAAUUUAUCGCGACCUUAAUAUUUUUCAGUUGUAUAAAAAAAGAGGUCUGAUUUUUUUUUUUCCUCAAAGUUUCUCCUACAUUUAGCACCUCAAAUAUUAAGAUAUCAAAUUUAGCCCGGAAUUUCACACAAUCAUCACUAGGAAUUUGAGGUAUUAAUUAUAACUAAAAUUGUCAGAAUACCUAACUACAAUUGCAGGGUAGUUGAGUUUAAAAAUUAGGUAACCCUUUUAUUUAUUGAACUAGAGGAAAAAACACUAAAGGACUUUCGUGCAAUUACAUAUUGAGUGACCAAAAUUAUACAAUCACGAUAUUUAUUUAAGAGGCUUAAAGUUAAACUUAACUCAAUAAUUAAUGUUUUAUUUCUUAUACAUAGUACUGAAGGUGAGAAAAACACAAGAAGGGGGGGUUGAAUUGUGUUUUCUUUUUCUCUCUUAAAAAAUCUUCUUCUGAUAAACCUUCAGAAGCAGUUUGUGAGUGCUUCUGAUGAAAUGAUCAGAAUUAGAUAUGCAGCGGAAAAGAACAGAGCAGAGAAAAGAAAGACAAAGACACAAGCAGUUAUCCUGGUUCCUUCCACAACACGGAAGUAGUCCAGUCCCCCUUGCACUUCCAAGGAGAUUUCACUAUAAUCACAAAGAUUACAAAUGCUCAAUACUUUCUAAGUAUGAGACUUCACAAAAAAUGCUCACGCACACACGCAAGAGUCUUCCAAUGCUCAAGCACUAAGCAAGAGACUUCUAAUGCUCAAGCACGCAGGCAAGAGACUUCUGAUCAAACAAAAAUACAGAGAAUUGAGUUUGACUUGAACACUUGAUAUACAAUCAGUGGUGUUCUCAAUACAAUACAAUAAAGACUCUAGACUUUGAAUUUCUUAAGAUGUAUCAAAUCAGUGCAGAAAUUCAGUGUGCUUUGUAGAAUCAAUUUGACAGAGUUUUGGCGCUUUUUAACUUGUAUAUCUCUCUAUCUUCAAUCUUCAAGUCUUCACUCCUUUAUAUAGAGGCGUGAAAGAGACGUUGAGAUAAUCAGCACGUCUAAAGAGUCGUUUGAAAUCCUUUGAUCAUCCACCAGUAAUCCUAUGCCUGAUUUGGGUGUAGUCCUUUGAAGAAUUAGCUUCAAAUUCAUUCCCAUCUUGAAGGCACAAAUUCUGCAGGCAUAGCUGUUGUUUUGUCUUGUAGCGUGGACAAAAACAGAGUAGUGGAGGUAGUGGUUGUACACUUGUACUUUGUCAACUCUGUCAACGAAGGACAAAUGCUCAGUGCUAUCCAUAUGACCGUUGAUACCUCCCUUUCAAUUCUUCGUUCUUCUUAGAUAAGACUGAAUUGAGAACCAGCUACUUUGGAUCUUCAGUUUGAUUAAUGGAUCAAAUGUAGCUUCUGGUGAAGAUAUCGCUUCUGAUGAAAACCUUGCUUCUGAUGACCUUCUGCUUCUGAUGAGCUUCUGCUUCUGAUGACGUCAUCACUUCAGAAGCACUUCAGCUUCAGGAGCACUCUAGCUUCAGACACAGUUUUCUUCAGAUGCUUAGAAUUUCUUUUGCUUUUCAUUGUUCUUCUAAGACCUAUUGAAAUUACUUGACUAGCCUUUGGUCCUGUACACUUGAACAAUAAUUAGUAAUAACCAAUUGACAAUUUUUAAUACCUUGUUAUCAUCAAAACUCAUUAAGGUUCAUUGUGAAACACAUUUUGUUCCAACAAGUACUGCCACCCUCUCAAAUUGUAAGUUGUUUUAGAAGAAAUUGUUCUAAAUUAUUAGUUAUUUUACAAUAAUAUUAAUAUUAUUAUUUUCUAUACUAAUAAUAAUAAAAGGUAAUUUUAUAAAAUAAUUAAUAAUUUUGUUUUCUCAUAAAAAAUCAAUUAUACCUUUUAAAUGUCGCAAAAUCCAUUUUUUCUUGUAGUGUUUAAUUUGUGUAAGUCAUCAUAACGAGUUAUAAUUUGACAAACAUACCUGAAAGGUCAAAAAAUCUUUAGCCAAGGAACAUAAUCAGCCAGAUUAAAAGCUCCAAUCAAAACCAAUUCUUGUUGAACCAAAUUUUUCAAGUCAAAUUGCUCAUACUUACUCCGUCCAAACAUCAACUUAUACACAAUAUCUUCUAUUAGAUUCUCUACUACCUCACUAACAUUCACAACCUCACCAACCAAAGCAGCUUUCUUCAAAGUGUUAACCAAAAUACUCAACUCCUCUUUUCUAAUAGGACCAGACAUCUCAACUUUUGAAGCACUAAGAAGUUUCAAAGUGCAAAAUUUCCUCACACUACGCCAAUAAGGACCAUAGUCAGAAAAAACUAUCCCUUUGGAACCAUAUAACAUGAGCUCAGAUCCUUGACUCUUUGGUCGGCUUGCAAAAACGAUGUCAUGGGUUUUGAGAAAUGAUUCUGCAGCUUUUGAAGAUGAAAUGAUAAUAGUUGGAACUUGACCAAGUUGUAAGGACAUGAUUGGACCAUAUUUUUUGGAGAGUGAUUGAAGUGUUCUAUGUGGAAGUUUGCCUAAUAUGUGAAGAUUUCCAAUUAUUGGUAGUGAUGGUGGACCUGGUGGUUUUUUAUGGUUUAGGGUUUUUUGUUUUGGAUGUAAGUAGAGUUUGAAUAGAAAGUACAUGAAAGUGAAGAGAAGAAAAGCAAACAUUGUUGUUGUUAGUGCAAAAGACAUGUCUACAAUGAAUGGUUUGGUUUGGCUGAAGUACGUAACAAGGUUGAAGACUAUACAACUACAAGUUGAUCUCUUAUUAUCUUGAAGCCGGUGGUGUACGUGUUUGGUUUGUAUAUCUAGUGAGAUAUUUCCCCUUAAAAAUGUAUUGAGAUAUUUAUGGCGGCCAUACUAUAUACUCUAUAAGGAAAAAAGGAAAGUUCCUUUCGAAAAGACAAAAAAAGGAAAGCGCUAAAAACAUUUAUUAGUCAACCUACUCCCGCAAUUAUAAAUGAGCAUUGCUAUUUAUCUAAAGAGUUUUUAUCUAGAAUUUAACAAGAAAAGGUCUCAACCAAUUAAAUUUAUUAUUUGUUGGAAAUCAUGGAAGGUAGUGGUGUGUAAUUGAGGAAAGGAGUUAGCAAAUACAUUGUCUUAAAAUUUUCUUCAUAAAUUUUGUCACUCUAUCUAUCAUUUCCCAUUAUAAAUGAUGAUUAAUUUUGUUUACUUUACAUAUGUUAAUGCACAAUUUCUACUCACUCUCAUAAGGUUGAACCAUUCUUCUCCCACGGUCAGUGAUUCUCAAAUCUCAAUGGGUAUCCAUUAUUCUUACCAUGUCAUUUUACAUCUUCCUCUAAAUCGAUAACUACAAACCUCCACCUUGCAUAUUGAUGACGGAACAUCAUGUGUUAUUUUGGCUAUGUUUUAAGUACUUUUCUUUGGAUUUGAAGACAAAUAAGAUGAGAAUUAGAGGAGUUGUCAAUGGUUUGAGGAACAGGUGUUUUGAGUGCUUUGUAGUGGGAAAUCAUAUUAAUCGACAAAUCAAGACAUCACAUGAAGGAUCAAAGAUAUGAAGAUUGAAGAUUAAUGGUUCUUAAAAGGUUUUUAAAGACAAUACAAAGUGAAGAAAUUUCAUUUCAAGUUCGUAUGCGUUUCCAAACGGAAGAACGAUAAAAAAAAAAAAAAAAAGGGAUGAAAACGCAAGAUUUCACACACAGGGACUGUCUCAUGUGCCACUAUCGCAUGAGGCAGUGUUACCACUGCCCCAGGCGCCUCAUGCACACGACUGUGGGCAUAAAUUGCCUGCAACUUGUUUUUCAAGCUAAAACGGUGGUAAAAGCUCAGUUUUCUUCUCUUAAACCUUAAGUAAUCAUUUAAUAUAAAUAGAGACCCUUGUACACAUUAUUUUUCAUUCAUAAAGCUAGCAGUUCAAGGGGUAAAGCAUCAGAGUUUCAAGGCAGGAUUCCAACCUCAUCUUGACUCUCUCUAGGGUAUAUUUUUCUAUUGUUUUGUUAUGAUGUUUGUUUCUAUUAUUUUUCAUUCAUAGUCACUUUCUACUGAGAUCAAUUUAAUCAUUGAGAUUAAAAGUACAAUCAACUUUCGAUCUUAGUAGUUGUAAGAACAACAUUAAUCAUCUUUAGGAAGAAGGAUUAUAAUACACAUACAUGAUUUAUACAAAAAUAUAGAGUAGGAAUAAGUAUAUUUCAGAUUGCUUUUAAUAUUUGUAAUUAUAAGUGAUUAUGAAUUUGAUCUCAGUAUUCUGCAGACUUUUGUAAUCGGGUCUUUUUUAUCAGCUGUAGUGAGAUAUGAUAUAUCUUUGAAUGAUGCCCCUUAUAUAGAAAAUGUGGGACCUAUCUUGUCAUGGUGAGCAUGUAACAAAGUAUGCUUCUUCCAAAAGUUAUUGUUGUGAUUUAGUUUUGAAUUUCAUCUUUUGAAGAUCAAUCUCAUAUUCUAACACACUUUUGAAGUUGUUUCCCUUCAUCAUUCUUUUGGUGUUUUUUAAAUUUCUUAAUUUGAAGUUUGAUCUUUAGAACUUCAAUAUGAUGUGUUGUUGAACUGCAUUGCUUAUAUAUUUGAUAUGCAUUUUAAAGUACAAUCUAAUCUUCAUUCUGAUCUAAUUUUGAUUCUGGAUUUUGAAGAAUUUUGAUCAUUCUUGAUGUGACAUAAGUGAAGUUGCUUAUAGUGUUAGAUUUGUGUUUUGAUGAUGUUUAUUAGCUAGAUUCAUUUGAUGAUGUUUAAAUAAGUUUUAGUUAUAAAGCAUAGAACAUGUUAAAGCACCCAACAAUCCUUGUCUCAUUGUGUCAUAUGUGUUUUGUAUAUCAAAUGUGUCUUUGUGUGUGAAAACCUUCAUUUUUGAGUGGCAAAAACUUUUUUCCAGGUCCUUGAUUCGAUUCAAAAUAUUUUGAAUCGAAUCAAUCAUUAUCUAUGCCACUGUUUCUUGUUAGUCAUGUAAGUUUGAUUCGAUUCAUGAUUCUUUGAAUCAUAUCAUUGACUUUCUCUUGUCUUGUGUUUUGGCUUAUUGAAUCAUAUUAUAGUUCUUUGAUUCGUAUCAACCUUCAUCAGAGUUUUUCUGAUUCAAUUCACAUAAUGCUUGAUUCAACCUUUAUAGCUACUUAUAUGUCCAUUUACACAUAUCUGAAUCGAAUCACACAUUACCUUAUUCGAACCAUUACGUUGUUUUUGCCUAAAAUAUUGCAUUUACCACACAUACCACUCCCAAAUUAUUAAAUCAAUUGCAACUAUCAUUCUUGAGUCUUCAAAUCUCUCUCUCUCUCUCUCUCUCUCUCUCUCUCCACUUGUUCUUCAUAUUAAACACUUUUUCUAAGAAUCUUUGUGGUUUUUGAGUCAUAGAUUGCUAGAGUUCUAUUGGGAUUGUAGAUUGGUUUCUUUCAAGGAAAUUGAUUGGAAAUCAAGGGUCCAAAGGAAAAAGAGUGAUUUCUUUCCACCUCCAAGGGAAUUGGGGGUUCUUUAUAAUCUUCUCAAGUUCAAAUGGAUCCAAGCUUCAGACAUAGCAAAGAAGAGUUCGAGGUGAAAAACUUCAAGGAUUGCAUGGGAGUUUGAGUUUCGGAGACUUGAAGAAUCACCAAUUUGAAGAGUUACUUGAAGAUUGGGGGGUUGUCGUUGCUUAGGAUUAAAGAUUAGGGUUAUCGAGGGAAUUCUUUGUAAUCAUAACAAUUGUAAUCAAAUUUCAACAAUAAUGCAUGUCCUUGAUAGAGACAUAUUCUAUCGAGAACCCUAAUCUUUAAUCCCUUUCCUCUUUCCUCUUUGAUUAUGGUGUUAUUCUCUUCCCUUUCCUAUUUGAUUUUGCUUUAUUAUUUGUAAAUGAAUUUUAAUGUUUGUAGCUAUUUUAUUUGAUUGUGAUUAAUUUUCAUACUUAACCCAAUCUUAAUUCAAGAUUCUUUUCAAAUUCAAUUUUAUCAAAAUUAAACUUCUAUUAAGUUUCGAAUCAUUAAUUCAUAUAUUUUGUGUUCCUUAGUGUUAGUUUGGUUUAUUGCAUUUAGGUUUGGUUUAUGAAUUGUGUUAUUGAUGAUUGAUAUUUGAUGUGCUUAUUAAUAUUCAACAUUUGAACCUCUCAAUUCAAUAUUGAAUCUUAGUGUUUUAUUCAUUGUCUUAAUUUUUGUUAUCGUCGUUAUUGUGCGCGAAUCCGAAAAUUCAUACGUUUUCUAAUCACGCUUUCGCUAAACUCUUCUGAAAUUUGAAAAAUACUAUUCAUCCCCCCAAUUUGACUUUAAAUCUGAAGUUUUUUCGACAUGCUUCUAAUCUCAAUCUGAAGUACUUUUGAUCAAUCUAGAGUUCUUCUUAAUACAUUGUAAUAUUUAGAUUCAUGUUUCUUGAAUAAAUUUUGAUUUCCCACUUGUAAUAUCAUGUUAUAAAGAACAAUCAAAGAAACUUCUUAGAAAGCAAAACACAUCAAAAUUAUAAUUGAUCUGUGUUCUCAUAUGUUUGUUAUCAUUAAAACAUGUUCUAAAAAUGGAUUUUGUUAUUUUCCUCAACAAUCUUCCACUUUUUGAUUAUGACAAGCUUCUUGAAUUAAGGAUCAUAUUUUUUAGAUUCUGAUGUUUAAUCAAUGCAUUGAUAUGAGAUAAAUGACCUUUAAACUUAUUCCAUAAUCAUAAUUGAGAAUUUUAAUAAACAAAAACUCCCCCUCAUGAUUAGAAAUAAAAUUAUGCAAUAAUUAAAAUUGAACCAUAAUUGUACUUUAUUAUUUAUAGUCCAAAUAUUACAAAAUAGCAUUCAUGAUGCAGAUACAUGGUUAAAAAAAUAGUUGAUCUUAACAACGAUGAUAGCAAACAUCAUUUUUUACUAGCCAAAAUAAGAUCAUAAUAGGACUAUAAUGCCAAGUUUUUUUUCAUUCAUAACCAAAAAAUUGAUCCUUUUCUUCUCCCUCUUUUUUCAUUAGCAAAAGGGUACAUACAAGUAGCAAGCCACUACUUGGUAAGGGAGGAAUCAUUUGAAUAUAGAGCUUGACUAGAAGUAGAACAAUUGAUGUUGUAGAGUAGCAUUGGGAGUAAUUCAGUUGAAACCAAAGCUUUCCACCCAAAGUCUUUUUUGAGAACUCUCAACAAAAUUUGUUAAAUCAUUUCCUUCCAAACAAGAAGCUUUUUAAUGUCCAUUCUUGUCUUUCUUGAAUUGUCUUAUAAGAGGUUGCAUCAUCUUUUUCUUUUGAACCCCCUUGCUCAUUGAUGACAAUAUCAACCGAGUCAAGUUGUUGAGGAAACAUUGGUAGACCACAAUUACUAGGCUUUGGAGGGUUUGGUUUUUGGUGGUGAUGGCUUUGUUGGUUCAUUCAAAUCAUUUGUGUCCAAAUGCUUUGAUGGUUGCAUCAAACAUUGGUAACUUAGGUAUUGUACCGACUCUUGAUCGGAUUCUAGAUGAUCUCUUUAAGGAAGUAUAACUUGAUUGUUUUGAAGCUUUGGCUAUUUAGUUCUUGGUUAUAUGGGAGCGGAAGCUUUAGUUGAUGGUGGUUCAUGGCCAAUCAUUAGAAUGAAUCUGAGAUGGUGAUGGUUGAGGUUGAGAGCCAGACUAAGUUUUAGUGCAUAAAAUUGACUUUCUCCACUAGUUCUCUUUAUUUCAAAUUCAUCCUCAACAUAAUCGGCAUCACAAUAUUCUACAAGAUCAAAAGAACAACCCUUGAUAUACCAAAGACCAAGAUCAGUAGUAUCUACCAAAUAUAUGAAAAUCCUUAUACAACAAUAUGUAGAUAUUAUUUGGACAAGAUUAAAAUCUAGCACAUAACCUUACUACAAAGACUAUAUAUGGUCUACUUGCAAUGAUUCAAUCAUACCUCAAAAUUCAUUUUUUGAAACAGAUUUUUCAUUCACAUCUUUGUCUAAACUAGAUGAUGGGUGCAUAGGAGUCAUGAUCUCAACUUCAUUCAUUUUGAACUUCUUAAAAAUAUCUUUGACAUAUUUUUCUUAACAGAUGAAAAUACCAUUAAAAUGUUGUUUGAUUUGCAAGCUAAGAAAAACAUGAGUUGUUCCAUCAUGUUCAUCUCAAAUUCACUUUGUAUAAGGUUAAAAAAUUCCUUACACAUGUUUACAUUAAUUAAACCAAAAAUGAUAUCUUCAAUAUAAACUUGUACCAUCAACAUAUCAGAUUGAUUGAUUUUUUUUUUCUUUUUUCUUUUAAAAAGAGUGGUAUCAAUAUUUCUUCUUGCAAAACACUUUUCUUUAAGAAAAAGGUCCCAAUCUCUCCAACCAAACUCUUGGAACUUGUUUAUGACUAUGUAGAGAUUUUGUAAGUUUAAAAACAUGAUUUGAUUUUUCUUUGUUGAUGAACAUUGACUUCUUCAUUCAUAAAACCAUUUAGAAAGUCACUUUUAACAUCCAUUUUGCACUUAUGAGUUGUAAAUGUAAGUAAGAUUAUGAUAGAUAUAAACCUUAUUAUUGGUGCAAAAGUCUCAUCAUAACCAAUACUCCCUUCGUCUCAAAUUGUAUGACGUUUUGGGUAUUUCACACAUUAAGAAAUGUAAUUAAUAUUCUGUGGAAAAGAGAUAUUAUGAGUUGUUUUACAAAAUUAUCUUGAUAAAUAAUAUGAGAAAAAUAAAUGAAAGAAUUGAAAGAAGAGAGAGUAAUAAAUAGUUAGGGUUAUAAUAGGAAAAACAACAUUAAUAUUGUAUUAGUAUUAUAAAGCAACAUAUAAUUUGAGACAACUUUUCUCCUAAAACGACAUACAAUUUUAGAACAAGCUUGUUUCUGAAUACUCUAUUCCAAUAAUUUUUUUGACUGUGAGACUUAAAGACAAGAUUCCAAACUUUAUUUUUUUUCAAAUUCUUCAUGGUUUAAAGAAUUUUUGGGAUUGUUUUCUACUCAUAUUUCUUACAUGCUCUUAACCUUAUUGGUAAUACCGAUAUUUAUUUUCGUUGUUAUGCAGUUGAGAUCCUAUCAAUCCGAGAUGUUUUAAAGCUUGAUUGGACCUUGCAAUUAAUUCACAGUUCACACCUCAAGCGAAGAUAAUCAAGAUGUUGAUCUUAUAAUGACGAUAAGUUCUACCUUUGACAUGAACCUCCUCCUGAUCUCCCUUCCAUUGGAAUAGUUUAAUUAAGAAAGUGUAGAUUUUCUUGGUUUUCUUUGUUUUUUUCUUCCAUCUUUGUACCCAAAAAAUAUCUAACUUCCAAAGGAAACGUGAAUCAAUGUAUGGCUAAAGUCACACAUUAAAAAAAAUAUAUAUAUAAAUAAAAUAUAAUAUGUUAAAAAUAAGAGCAAUAAGUCAACUCUUACAAUGUGUUUCUUGUUUGAGUCCUGCAAUGUUAUUUACUGCUUUUGAUGUGAUUAAUUAUUGAGAAUGACUGAGUUUUAUCCAAAUAAUUUUAUAGAUGUGCUGAAGCGGCGUUACACCAUCAAUAAAAUCAUUUGAAUAAAACAUUUUUAUGAUUUAUAAGCUUUUAAAGUUGAUUUUGCUCUUGCCGGUAGCAACUUCAAGUGUUGAACAUGUUUUUUCAACAUUGAAAAUUGUUGUGAAGAGUAAUUAUGUAACAAAAUAGGUGAUCAAUGUAACUUAUAUAGAAAGAAUUGUUCUUUUAGCAAUUAACUUAUAUAGAAAACAAUUUUCAUUGUAAUAAUGUUUUUUUUUAGGGAAUGUAUUAUAUCAAAUAAUAUUAUUUCCUAUUUUAAACAUUUUAAUUUCACAUAUAUCAAAUGCUCCCUUAAAACUGAUGUAGCUUUUUUUUUUUUUUAAGGAGAAGAAAACGUGAUGUUAUUCGAUUAUUUUGUUAUAUUCUGGACUCUUUAAUUUAUAUUUUUUUCGUCUCAAUCAUUUAUGAUUGUUAGCCCCAAAGGGUUGUUGGGUCAGCGCACUAUAUGGUCAUCAUAGCUGGAUCAUACCUUUAUUAAAGUUAUUUAUUGAAAAAAGAUAUUUUGUUUUUUAAUCUAAUAGCGAAAUGAUAAUAGUUAAUUCAAUUUUGCACAUAAAUAAAGUAUUUUUUUGAAAGAAGCACAUAAAUAAAGGUUGUUUUUUUUAGGAAACAUAAAUAAAGGUUGUACGGUUUAAAUUCUUGUCACAGUCUAACAAUUUUGAUCUUUUUAUAAGUUCAACGAUUUAUAGACACUGACGAGAGCUUUAUUAAAGUUAAAAUAAAGUGAGUUGCGAUAUAUUGUCAUAUUUAUCAACAACCCUGAUUAAAUGUAAUUAAUCACUUAUUUGAAUUAUAUUAACCAUCAAUUUUAUUGUCAAAAUAACAGAAAUGGUGUCACAAGAGAGUAGAAACAAAAACGAGUAGACCACAUGACAAAUAAGUUUCACAAAACUCUGUCAUAUACAUUACUCUUUGAUCAAUACACAAUGACAAUACAGACAAAAUAUAUGUAAAUUUUGAAUUGUGUAAUAUUUAAUUAGCAAUAUGUAUAUGUACAACAUGGUUGUGGAGAGCCAGAUAGGAGCAAAUAUUUUCAUAUUUUAUAUGUUGCUGUCCUUUUUAAAUUAAUAAAAUCCUCGUUAAGAUGUCAUGUGUGAUUUGUUGAGUUAACAAAAAGCAAUAGAAACUUUAUGGUAUACACUAUACUCAAAUUGCUAUGUUUCGUACCAACUUUAUAAUUAGUACUAAUACAGUUAUGAAUAAAGAAAUGGACUAAACAACAAAGACUUUGAGUUAAAGACAGAGGGACAAGGUAGAGAGAGAUUGAGACAGAAGGUGGAGAUUUGUUCAUACUAUGAUUCUCUCUUUAUCAAAAUUUCACAUGGCAAAAUCCUAGAUCAUGAAAAUGUGUUCUGUGCUGUAAUUCAUUACUUUUCAUUCAUAUUCCAGUCUCUUCACCUCCUUCUCCACGUUUCUAUAAUAAUUAUUCAUCAAUGAGUGUAUACAUAAAUACACUUUAUCUUACUAUCUAUGAAUGAUUCAUUCAAUGAGCAUUAUUAUUUUUACUAUAUAGUUGAUCAUAGAAGAAGGGUCAUUCACAUUAUUUGAUUUGAUUAGUACUUAAUUAUAUGGGAAGUUAUAGAGUCUGCGUGUGUUUCCGGCGGAGGUUUAAGUCCGGGGAGGCAGUGGCGCCUCAGGAAGUCAGGGAGAUCUUCAACAAGUAUGCUGAAGGUGGGGCCCACAUGACUCCGGAACAGCUCCGGAGGUUUCUUGUGGAGGUUCAAGGUGAGGUUGAUGAUGAGAAGGAUGGACUUGAUACACAGAAGGUGGUGGAGGAAGUGUUGCAGAAGCGGCAUCAUAUUACGAAGUUUGCAAGACAUAAUCUCACGCUUGAAGAUUUUCAUCAUUAUCUAUUCUCUACUGAAUUCAACCCUCCUAUUAGAUCUAAGGUAAUGCAUUUGACUUGUUUUUGUCAUGUUGUUUUGAUUCAACGGUUUGACUUUUGGUCAAACAUCAUAUGUUUAUGUUCUGUUUCAAUUUGUUGGAUUAAUUGGAUCUAGUUAAGGUGGAUUUUAGAGGAAAUAAGUGUCUCAUAUUUGGCAUUUUUUAAUGUUAGUUUCAUGUUCUUCCUUGAUUGUGAUAAUUUGAACUUGCUAGUAGUAGUGAUGUUAAUUGUAAACCUCUUCUCUGAUUCAGGUUCAUCAGGAUAUGACAGCUCCAUUGUCGCAUUAUUUUAUAUAUACUGGCCAUAACUCUUAUCUCACUGGAAAUCAACUCAGCAGUGAUUGUAGUGAUAUCCCCAUUAUAAAGGCAUUGCAUAGAGGUGUGAGAGUGGUUGAGCUUGAUAUUUGGCCUAAUUCCACCAAAGAUGAUGUUCUUGUGCUACAUGGAAGGUAAUUAUAUUUUUCGUGGAUAAUGUUUGCACUGACACUUCUAAUUGAAGGAGUGUCCCGGUGUCCGACAUGUGUCAUGUCCGACACUAACACCACACCGAUACUUGUGAUUACAUUGAAUUAUGUCAUUUUCUCAAAAUUUUAUCAGUGUCGACAUUUCCGUGUCAUUGUCGUGUCUGGUGUCUGGUGUCCGUGUUAGUGUCCGUGCUUCAUCCUGAUCAACACAGCAAAAAAUGGUUUAAUUUCUAUUUCCCUUUUCAAUGCAGCUAUAUGAGCAUAAAAAAUCACUACUUAUUUGGAAUGUGUAUAGUGUUGUCUCCCUUUUAAUAAACUCUUAGUUUAUGAUUUUGAGAGUGGAAGUAUAAGUAACUGAUAGAACAAAAAUUUCAUAUUCUGCAAAUCUAUAUAAGCUUGAUGAAUGAGCUAUCAGAGUGUAAAUCACAAGAAUUUAUAUCUAUGCACCAAAAGGAUCUCUUCUGCUAAGGACUGUUCAUGAUUCGGUUCAUGAAGGAAGACUGAACCGGAAUGAACCUUUACAACAGUUUAGUAAAACUGAACUGAACCAUCAAUGAUAUAAAUCAGUUUGUUAAACCGAACUGUUUCUUUGUGAACCUUGCACCUUUUCGAACUGGACAAGCUAAAGGCACACACCGUGCGCAUUAACUGAUUUUGGAAUUUUAACAAGAACCAAAAACCGAACUAUUAAACCAAACUGCACCGCACCGAGAAAACUGAAUUUUGAUCGACAGUUCAUGAAUUGAACUGAACUGAGUAAUAAAAACACCAGUUCAGUUCUUGAACUGUCCGUCAUAAUUUGCUUCUUUUCAGUUCGGAUCGGUUUAACGGUUUAGUUUUUUGUUUUUUUUAACAGUCCUAUUGUGCUGGUAAUCUUUUUCUUUGACUUAUAAUUUUUUGCUGGUAGUUCAUGCUAAAUACCUAACUUUUGCAUAUAUUCUACUUGUGUUGACCUGUGAAUGUAGGACAUUGACCACACCUGUUGAUUUGAUCAAAUGUUUGAAAUCCAUUAAGGAACACGCGUUCUCGGCAUCUCCGUACCCAGUUGUAAUAACUCUGGAAGAUCAUCUUACCUCAGACCUUCAAGCAAAAGCUGCUCAGGUAAUUUCUUAUAGGUUUAACCAUGCUUUCAAUUUCUGUAAUUAUCUCGAAUUUUAUUUUAAGUUUCUGUAUCCUCUUUGAGGACUAAAGGCAUGCAGUUUUAUAACUUGUAGAGACAUAAAAGUGGAUACAGCGACUAAAAAUAAAAAGUGUAAAUUUUAUAGGGGACUAAAAACAUGUUUAAUUGUUUGUUAUAUCUGAAAGGAGUAAAUCACUCGGGUUCACAAUUUUUUUGGAAUUAAUCAUCAUUCUCUUUCGACGUUAUUAGAUGAUUACUCAAACAUUUGGAGAUAUGCUGUUCUGUCCAAAUGAUGAAAAUUUAAACAAUAUUCCAUCACCUGAAGAAUUGAAGUAUAGGAUCAUGAUAUCAACAAAACCUCCAAAAGAGUACUUAAAUUCCAAAAGUGUUAGGGAGAAUUCUGAACAAUUGCUGAAAUCAAAAUCAAAGGAUUCUGAUGAAGACGAAUGGGGAAAGGAAGUCACUGAUGUUGUACAUGCACAAAAUGAAGACGACAAGGUGAGAUAAACUAAGAAUUUCACUUUAUAGAAGCCUCUAUUUUCACAAGAUAAUGACAUAUUCGUUUAUGCUGUUUUUGUAUAAGUUAUAAACUGUUCUCGUAAGCUAUCCUGAACAUGCUAUAAGAUGUUUCCAAAAUCUCUUUCAAACAGUCUUACAAAGAGUUCAUGUUAGCAGAUAAGUUCAAAUAAGCCAAUUCUAACAGUCUUGUUUUUUUCUUUCUAUUUUCUUACAGGGUGACUGUGACUCACAUCAACAGAAUGAUGAUGAUGAUGAAUCAAAUGAUGAUGAAUAUGAAACAAAUCACGAGAGUGAGUAUAAGCGUCUAAUCGCUAUUCAUGCUGGAAAACCUAAGGGUAGUUUGAAGGAAGCCUUAAAAGUUGAAGAAGAUAAAGUGAGACGCCUUAGCUUAAGUGAACAAGCUCUUGAGAAGGCUGCUGAGUCGCUCGGAACUGAUCUUAUUAGGUAGCAUCUGAUUUCAUAUCAAAUAUCAUUUAUACGAUUAUUAAUUACCACUAGUGACCAUUUUACAGUUGUUAUCGAGAGAAUUUAAAUUAAGUGUACCUUGAGGUUACAAAGUCAUCAGCGUUAUAAUAGAUCAUGUAGCUUACCACUAAGCUGAUUAUAACUAAUUUCCUAGCUUAAGUUUACAAGUGAUUUACUACUCUUCCACUUUUCCUUAAACUCUUCUACAUUCUAAUUCUAAUUGUAAUGCUUUCUAUUUUGUAUGAUAGGUUCACCCAGAAAAACUUUUUGAGGAUAUAUCCGAAGGGUACACGUGUCACCUCGUCGAACUACAAGCCACUGAUUGGCUGGAUGCAUGGUGCUCAAAUGGUUGCAUUCAAUAUGCAAGGAUAUGGCAGAAAUCUUUGGUUGAUGCAUGGAAUGUUUAGAUCCAAUGGGGAAUGUGGUUAUGUGAAAAAACCAGACUUUCUAAUGAAUGUAGGUCCAAAUAAUGAGGUAUUCAAUCCUAAAGAUAAGUUGGAAGUGAAGAAGACGCUUAAGGUGAGGACUGAGGAUAUUAUCAAAAUGAAAAAGUUAGCAAAAUGAACAUUUUUCUUGCACUGUGUUUAAUUUAUUCUCACUGGAUAGGUUAAAAUAUAUGUGGGAGAUGGAUGGAGUAUGGAUUUCAAACAAACUCACUUUGACUCAUAUUCUCCACCAGAUUUUUAUGCCAGGGUAAGUUUUUUCUAUUUAUUUAUAAUUAUGCUUUGAUUUACAAUAUAACUGCUUAAUUCUUUAUGCACUAAUAGUACUUAUGUAAUCUUUAAUCUUUCACCACUUGAAGCUUAAAUAACUUUAAGGAUAUUAUUUCUCUUUAAUGAAAGUUGUGAGAAUUAAUACUAUGAUUCUUUCUAGAGUACAUUUGUUAAGGUCUAUUUACAAGUUAUUUGGUCUUGUCUAAUGACAUACAUACUUGUGUAAAGUGAGGUUAUCAAAUUGAGUUUAAAUCAUGAACCAGAAAACCUAUACAUAGGGAUUCAUUUGAAAGAAUCAGGGCUCAUCACUGUGAGUCGGGAUUCAUCAUAACGAAUCGGGAUUUAAAAUGAGAUUCAUAUCAAAAUUAGAUACAUACCAGAGACUCAUAUGAAUUGAGUUAAGUUUUGUAUCAAAUUGAGAUAUGACUUGCAUGUAUCAUAAGAUACUAAUAACCAUUUUUGCAAGAGCGUGCGCAUAAGCUGUUUACAGCACAUAUGAUAAUCUUGAAGGAUAACUUACAUGAAACGACUCACAAUUUAUAUGAAAACAGUUUAACCACGUUCUUUCGACGAUUACAGAAAUAGCUUAUUCAUAAGUGUUUAUAUCAUAUAUGAUAAUCACUUAUUCAAUAUGCGUUUAAUUAAGUCGUUUACCAAAACAAACCAUCGGUACUUCUUGCAUGAGCUUACAUGUGAAUUUGUGAGGCAGGUUGGCAUAGCUGGAGUGCCGGCUGAUGUAACAAUGAAGAAAACAAAGACAAUAGAGGAUAACUGGAUACCUACUUGGGAAGAAGAAUUCACCUUCCCUUUAACUGUGCCUGAACUUGCUUUGCUUAGAGUGGAAGUACAUGAAUAUGACAUGUCUGAGACAGAUGAUUUUGCUGGCCAAACUUGUUUACCAAUCACUGAACUAAAACAAGGGAUCCGCGCCGUUCCACUUUACGAUCGAAAAGGAGAGAAAUACAACUCAGUUAGGCUUCUUAUGAAAUUUGAUUUUAUUUAAGCUGUUCUUCUCUACUUGGGAGUAUAUUUAUUUUAUAUUAUGAUGAAGAAUGUUGAAACUUGUUUUCCAUGUCACACUUGAUUCAUGUGGAUUUGGCCUAACCAUGUAAGUAAAUAAUAUUAAAAAUUAAAAAUAGUAAUAGGAUUUUAUGUUGCAACUCAUGCUUCAUUAUGGCAGCGUUUACCUCUAUUGAAGUUUGAGUGGUUUUGGAGUUAUAAUUCUCUUUUGUUUUCUGCAUUGUAAAGCUAUAAUUCUGUUAUGUUACCAACUUAUUAGCAACAAAAUAACCCGCUCAUUUGAUCCUUGUAUAUGUAUUCCUCUGAUAGACCAAAAUGAAUAAGUUAAAUUAAGUAAACAUAAAAUUCUUAAUGAAUGAACAAUGGUACUCAAAUCAUAAAAGAAAGACCAUAAAAGAGAGCAAUGAUACUCAAAUCAUUAUAAAAAAAAAUACCAUAAAAGAGAGCGCAGGAUUGUUGCAAACUUGCUAUAAUCCUGUUCAAUAAAAUUAAUUUUAUUAUAUUUUGAUUGUUCUAACAUUUGAAUGUCUACAUAUAUAAUCACACACGUUUUUUUUCUUCCUGUGUAACCACUAAAUUUAUGGAUAUUGGGACUAAGGCUAUGUUUGGAUUGAUGGAGAGUGGUGGAAUGGGAUGGAAUAGAGUCAGAUUCCAUUGUUUGGUUUUGCAAAAUUGUAAUGGAAUGGAAUGGAAUGUGAUGGAACUCAUUCCAUCCAAUACCACUCAUUCAUCCAAUUUUCCAUUCCUCCCAAAUUGGGGUGUAUCCAAUGGAAUGGAACACAUUAAUAACUCAAUUACAUUUUUAUCCCUACUAUUUCUAUUUCAUUAGCCACUCCUCAUUCCAUGUUUCUUUUUUCCAUUGAUUGUUUCUUGUUUAUAAAUCUCUUUCUUCUUCAUUCAUAUUAAAGUGUCACGAAAAUUGACUAUAGUAGUUACAAAUGGAAAAACACAUAGGUUUCUUAUUUAUAAACCUCUUUGAGAUCGAUUUUGAAUUAUAUCUAAAAACUAUUGAUAUUGAAUUAUAUAUAAAAAUACGAUGAAUAGUAAUUUGCAACUAAUGUAACCUACAUAGGCUAGAAAAUAGAUGAAUUUUAACGUGUAACCUAUAUUAUUAUUGUUUUAUUUAACCUGACAAAUGGAAAUACUGUAGUUGCAAAUUAUGCCAGAACCGAAAUUUAAAAAUGUUUUGUUCAUAUCUUAAUUUGUGGUUAUACUUGUGUUUAUUCCUUUACUUGUUUAUUUUGUGCUAUUUAUGAAUAAUGUCAAAAUAACUACGUAUUGAUUGAAUUGAGUUGAGAAUUCAACAUAGUGAUGUUUUUAAGUAAAGGGUAAAAAUGAAAUAAAAAAGUUAUAAAUCAUUCCGUUCCAUUCACUUUCCAAACAAUGGAGUGGAAAAUUAGUUCAAUUCCGUAGUAAAAUAUCCAAACAAUAGGAUGGAACCUUUGUUCCGCUCCGUUCCACUCCGCUCCAUUCCGUUCCGCUCCGUUAGUUUCAUGUUAUCCAAACAGAGCCUAAAGAAAGCAAGGUAGAGAGAUGGAAGAGAAAUGAUAGGGUCACACCUACUAACACACUCUUUUAAAGUUUUAACACACCCAACAAGAAUUAGUCAUGUGUCCCACUUUUUUAAUUCAAUUAACUUGAAAUCUGUUCAACCAGUUUUUAAACAUUUGUUUUUUAUUUUUUUAAUAUUUUAGUACAACAGUUGGAGAGAGAAAGAGAAGAAAAAAACGAAGAGAGAGAAGAGUGUUGAAAAAUAAUCUGGGUCUUCAAUUUCGAUCUUCAAGCUUGAAAGCUUAAGAACCUAAAAUUUAAAGAGUCACACGUGUCUCUCUCUUGUUCCAGUUUCCCCAGCUAUGUCACCUUUCUCUCUUCUAUCUUAAAUGGUUUUGUUCAUCGUCCAUCCACUACGAGCGUCAUCAUUUACCUGGCGUUUUGAUUAUGUGAUUUGGAGAAAAUUCAUGCAAGUAAUUUUUAACUAAUGGAGUAAAAUAUGUCAUCCCUGGAUAAGUACUUAUAAAAAACCAUUAAAAUAACGAAAGCAAUGGAUCUCUUGUAACUCCAUUUUACUCUUUUAAAAGUGUCACAUAUGCAUAAUGCUUGUAUAUAGUUAACCCAAUUUUAGUUUAUAUAGAGAGAUAGAUAGAUAAAUAUAGAAGAUAGGUAGAUAGAUAUUGAUAGAUUCACAUAGUCAUAUGCACUAUAAAUCUAUAUAAUAUUUUAACUAAUAAAUGAUAAUAUAUACUCCCUCCGUUCUAAUUUAUAAGCAAAAAAACAUUAAUUCACACUUAUUAAGAAAACUAACAUUUAGUAAUUUGAGGUAUAAUUUUUUCGUGUUCUCCUUGAAAUAAGUUUCAUGGAAAGAAGUAAAAAUAAUUCUCAUUGGCUAAAAAUUAUGGAGAAAAUAAAAAGGAGAAUAAAUUGAAUGCAAUUUGUAUUUAAUUUUACAUUGGAAAAGAUGAUUUGUUUGAAAAAACAUAAUAAUGACAUAAAAGUUGGUCUUUUUUACUUAUAUUUUGAGACAAAGAAUACGAGAUUUUUUUGCUUAUAUUUUAAGACGGAGGGAGUAUGUUUUUAGAUAAAUGUUAGUGUUUAGUAUAUUGUUGGAGGGGAAGGGGUAAUAUUAUCAGCAGGGAUCAAAUCUUAACCUCUUCUUAAUCUCCAAUUUUCCAACCCUUUGACCACACAAUCAAUGAUUAAUGCAAAACAAUUAGUUGUUGGUUAACGCAUAAACAUAUAUUGCAUUAACCAAAGGAAGAAAUUUUUUAAAGUAGGAGAAUGGUAUUGGUUUAUAUUGUAAAUUUUUUAAAAAUAUAUAUAUUUAUAAUAAUUAAUAUGUUUUUUAUUUACUUUUUCAACAAAAUAAUGAUAGUAGCACUUUUUUAUACAUAUUUUAGAGAAAAUCUAUUUUUUUUCUCUCAUAUUUUAUCAUGUGUUUUUCAAUAUCUUGAUUAAGACGUAACACUUUCAAAGGUAGAAGAUCAACCAUUAGUGUUAAAAUGAGAGUAUAAGUUGAAAAUGGCAAGGAAGUAGAUACCCUCAUUUAUAUAUUAUUGGAAUUAGAAUAAGAACCAUUAGAGAAAAGGAGAAAAAGAAUGGACAACAAAAGCUAUGAGAAUGUCUUUACCUAUUCAUUUUGUUCUCCUGCUAUUAAUACAAUUUUUUUUUUGAAACAAAAAUGAAUGUGGCUUUCCCUAAAAAAAAAUCAGCUUGAGCUUAUUUUUUAAAGAAUAAUUAAAAAACUCAAGCUUAUUUAAAACAUUUGUUGAUAAAGUUUAUUUUUUGGUAAAAUAAUUCAUAAUUUCCUUUAAAAAGAUAGGUAUUCUUUGACCAAAAAAAAAAAAUAGGUAUCCUCUAGUGUGAAGAGAGUUAUUUUAAGGGAUAGACAAAACCCAACUCUUAAAUUUUCCUCAAAACUUUCUUACUUUUUGAACAUGAGAAAUCAUGGUUUUGCUUCCUAACAUUAACAAAUUUAAUUACAAUAUAUUUUCUACAAAGAAGAAAUAAACAUGCAGGUGGUAAAAAAAAAGUAUAGAAAAUGUUCCACUUAUCUUGUUGACAUUGCCGCAUAACUUGAAUCUCCAAUUUAUGACCUGAGAUAAAGAUUUUGUAAUUGUAAAAAAAGUGUGAAACUUUCUUAGUCCUUGAAGUGCCACAUCAUCAUAAUUCUAGCUUAAUAUAGUUCCAUAUUUUGUCUACAAAGAUGUUAAUCUAGAGAUGCCACAUCAUCAAGUUUGCUUUUUAUAUAGAAGAUAUAGAUAGAUAGUUAUCCGUAGUAGUUUUAUGAAGUUAUUAGUAGUUAUAAAAAGAUAGUUACAUAUUGGUGUGUUAUAUUAAGAUAGUUACUUAUCUCUUGUGAGGAAAACCUUGAUGAGGCUGACUACAUUUUUCCUUCAGAAUCUCACGUCGCAGCUUUAAGGUUUGCGACGCGAGACGAUUCUUUGCAUUUUUUCUCUUGCCUUUUAUGUUUUUCGGAUAUUUUCUUGUCCUUGCAUUUCAUGACUUUUUAUUAUGAAUUCUCACAUUCACAACACUGUAUCACAAAAGAACUGACUCGAUCACUCAAAAAACAUAAUUUAAAAUUUGGAUGAGGUUAAGAAAUUGAUGUCAGCAUGCGAAGUGAGCUUUUGUUGGAACUGUUUUUAACUGCUUAGCUAUGUUUUUUUGUUACAAUGACACAACGCAAUCAUUGCAUAUAUAGCUUUAUGAUGCAUUAAAACAAUAAAGUUACAAAUGCAUCUUAUAUUCUUUUGCAGCCUGAUAAUAUUUACUAAUCAGUUUUGUAAGGUUGACUUAGAUUCGAUCUAAAUUAUACUUAUGUGUGUGGAUCAAUUUGGUUUAAGUUUUUUCACAACUAAUUGUAAAAAACUAAAAGUUGAAUCCGUCUUGCAAUAAUAAUGAGUAUUCUAAUUAAUAGUUUCAAGUAGGCUUAAAUAUGUAUUUCACUAGAUCGUCCAUCCGUGCUGCCGCACGGGUCAUAUACAUUGUAAGUAUUGUAGACAAAAACAAAAUUUUAUAAUACAGUCCCAACUUAUAAUUUUAAAUACAACUAUAGAAGGAAAUUGUAUAAUUGAUUCAAAAUAUUUUUAGUGACAUUGAGCAGCAAUCUAUAAUUUAAUAAAAGAAGAGGUUUUGCCAAAAGCACUGCACACAUCUCUUUUUCUCGUGAGUCAAUUACAUUGAAAAUUCAUAUAUUAUAUAUCACUAACAAAGAUACAAAAAUUAUGUUGAAAGGAAUUUGUAUAAUUCAUUCAAAAUAUGUUUAGUUAACUUUAAUAUAUAAGAAGAUGUAUCGAGAAGUUGAGAAGGGGGAAAAUUCAAUAAGGUUAAACAAAGGAAUUUAGAAUCAGGGUUAAAAUAGUAAAUUUAUACAAUAAGUUUAAGUUAAAAUUAGGGCUAAAAUAUGCUUCUGUGUUAGCCUUAAUAUAUAAGAAGAUAGAAGAAAAUUGUAUAAUUGAUUCAAAAUAUUUUUAGUGACAUUGAACAGCAAUCUAUAAUUUAAUAACAGAAAAGAAUUUGCCAAAAGCACUGCACACAUCUCUUUUUCUCGUGAGUCAAUUACAUUGAAAAUUCAUAUAUUAUAUAUCACUAACAAAGAUACAAAAAUUAUGUUGAAAGAAAUUUGUAUAAUUGAUUCAAAAUAUGUUUAGUUAACUUUAAUAUAUAAGAAGAUCUAUCGAGAAAUUGAGAAGGGGGAAAAUUCAAUAAGGUUAAACAAAGGAAUUUAGCAUCAUGGUUAAAAUAGUAAAUUUAUGCAAUAGGUUUAGGUUAAAAUUAGGGCUAAAAUAUGCUUAUGUGUUAACUUUAAUAUAUAAGAAGAUGUAUCGAGAAAUUGAGAAGGAGGAAAAUUCAAUAAGGUUAAACAAAGGAAUUUAGCAUCAGGGUUAAAAUAGUAAAUUUAUGCAAUAGGUUUAGGUUAAAAUUAGGGCUAAAAUAUGCUUCUGUGUUAACUUUAAUAUAUAACAAGAUGUAUCGAGAAAUUGAGAAGGAGGAAAAUUCAAUAAGGUUAAACAAAGGAAUUUAGCAUCAGGGUUAAAAUAGUAAAUUUAUGCAAUAGGUUUAGGUUAAAAUUAGGGCUAAAAUAUGCUUCUGUGUUAACUUUAAUAUAUAAGAAGAUAGUAAAUUUAUGCAAUAGGUUUAGGUUAAAAUUAGGGCUAAAAUAUGCUUCUGUGUUAACUUUAAUAUAUAAGAAGAUGUAUCGAGAAAUUGAGAAGGAGGAAAAUUCAAUAAGGUUAAACAAAGGAAUUUAGCAUCAAGGUUAAAAUAGUAAAUUUAUGCAAUAGGUUUAGGUUAAAAUUAGGGCUAAAAUAUGCUUCUGUGUUAACUUUAACUAGACCAUUGACCCGUGCUAACGCACGUGUCAUUUAAAAAAUUAAUACUCAUAGAAAAAAUAAGACACUGUAGGUCGCUUGAAUGUAAAAAUUGUCGUGAAUCAAAGCAAAAUGUCAAUUACCAUAGACUUUGUUAUUGUUCCAUAAUUCUAGUACGUAGUACCUGUUACUUUAACAUAACAUAUAAUUUUAAAAGGGAAACUGAAGUUCGUUGACAUGCAAAUAGUUUCAAUAAGUAAGAAAAUGAAUAGUACACAAAAAAGUCCUACACAUUACGGAAAACUUCUCUGUAGACCACACUUGAUGCAACAUCGGUAUCAUCACCGUCGUCAUCAUUAAUCAAUAUCUUUAAACCACCCCUCAAAGUAACCCGCGAUAUUGCGACGUACAACUGUCCAUGUGAAAAAUAACAAAGAUGAAUCCAAAACGACAUCUAAAAAUUUCAAUAAAGAGAUAGCUACCUCAGUUGACUCAGUCAUGCUUUCAAUUGUCAUUCGGUUAGUGUUGAGCAAGUCAUCUGAUAAAGACGCGGGGCUGUUCGUUGAAAUUUGGCUGACACUUCGGGUGAACUAUAUUGAUGCAUUUUUCAUUCUAAUAAAAGGGCACCAAUGUUAAUAGAAGAGUGGUGAGACCUCCAGACAACUUAAUUACAACCAAAAAAACUUGCCUUUAUUCUAAAGCAUAUAAAAAUGUAAAUGGUUACCAUGUCAUGUACGCAGCGACAUCAGGCAAAUCGCCAUUAAGUAUCAGCUUAGUCCCAUUAAAGGCAUUAGCAACUCCCAUAGCACCUAAUUUUUUUAAAAAUCAACAGCAAGUGAACAUAAUUUCACAUUUCAUUGUUGAUAUCAGCAGAAAGCACAAACUUAAAACACGACAUACCUAACUACAUGUGUGUCUUGCAAAACUGCAAUAUUAAUACAGUAGGUGUGUCGUUAUCAUGGUUGCCAAAAAAGGUCACAAUUUUGUCAACAUGUUCACCCCAAAGAGAGCAAUGCAAGCGGUUGUUUCUGUAAUAAAAUAUUACCAAAAUAUCAAUUCAGGAACAUAAGGUAUAUUAAAAUUAUAUUACAACCAGGUACAAAGAAAGAGACAAAUCUUACUCAAGAUCUUCUAAAGUGAGAUCAGUAACCCUACUUUUCCUUCCGUCCUUUUCAGUUUCCCUUACAUCACCUCUUUCAAUUACAUGACCAAUAACAUCUGAAAUUACGUAUACAAAAGCAAAAACAAAUGUAUGAAAUUCCUAAACGAAUGCUUAUAGGUAGAAAUAAUGUACAACACACAUUCAGAAUUGAAGUCUUACCCGUAGAUACUUCCUCGACAGUUGAAGAGAGAAUUUCAUUGAAUGGCUUGAACUAAAAAACGUUCAUAGGGAUAGCAGGCGAGUGUACUUUGGUAAAAGUUGAAUUGUGCAUCAUACUAAGCUUAUGUUUGUGUGAAGUUACCUUAUAAGGACUUUCAUUAAAACCUACAAUUGCAUUUUCAAGCUGAAAUGUACCCCCUUCUUGAACCAUGGACCUGAACUUUGCCACCAAAUCUUUUCUACCUGUGGCGUGAAUACGUCCACCCUAUUGACGACAACAACAACAUUAAACAGCUGGUUAAAUUAGAUAACUAAAAAACAACAAUGACAUUAGUUUAAUUUUAAAGCUAAGAGUGCAAACAUGUAGAAACCUUUUCAUCAACCAAAUGUGAGCAACUCGCACACACAUCUUGAGAUUCUUUCUUCCUCCAGAAACAGCUGAGAUUGGAGUGUAUUUGGAAGACAUCAUUAGCUUGUUUUUUCCUUUCCAAGAAAGAGGAUGCUUAUUUAGAUUGAGAUGGUUUGGCUAAUAUGUUAUGAUAUAUUUAUAGGAAAAAGGUGGAAUACGUGUGAGUAGGAUAUGUCGGUUGAGCAAUAAAGAGUAUUAGUUAUCAGGAUAAGCACAAAAUAGUGGAACAAAAUUAGGAAAUGGCCAACAUUUUAGGAUAAAGAUUAAUAUGAAUAAAAUGAAAUUAAUAUUGUUGAUGGGGCACUUUAUUUUACUUAAGAAUUGACAUUUUUUUGUACUUAAGAAUUACCAUAGUUGAUUCGCCAAAACAUAUUUUAGAGAUGUGGAUGAAAUGUGUAGUAGUUACUUGAAUGAGAGGAAUUAGGAUUUUUAGUUUGUUUCCACCCAAAACAUAUUUUAGAGAUGUGGAUGAAAUCCCCUACUUAUUUGAAUGAGAGAAAUAAGGAUUUUAGUUUGUUUCCACCAAAAAGUUACUUUAGAGAUGUGGAUGAAAUCUCUUAGUUACUUGAAUGAGAAGAAUUAGGAUUUUUAGUUUGUUUCCACCGAAAACAUAUUUUAGAGAUGUGGAUGAAAUCCCCUACUUAUUUGAAUGAGAGAAAUUAGGAUUUUAGUUUGUUUCCACCAAAAAGUUAGAUUAAAGAUGUGGAUGAAAUCUCUUAGUUACUUGAAUGAGAGAAAUAAGGAUUAGGAUUUAAGUUUGUUUCCACCCAAAACAUAUUUUAGAGAUGUGGAUGAAAUCUUUAGUAGUUACUUGAAUAAGAGGAAUUAUGAUUUUUAGUUUGUUUCCACCCAAAACAUAUUUUAGAGAUGUGGAUGAAAUCUUUAGUAGUUACUUGAAUGAGAGGAAUUAUGAUUUUUAAUUUGUUUCCACCCAAAACAUAUUUUAAAGAUGUGGAUAAAAUCCCCUGAUUAUUUGAAUGAGAGAAAUAAGGAUUUUAGUUUGUUUCCACCAAAAACUUAGUUAAGAGAUGUGAAUGAAAUCUCUUAGUUACUUGAAUGAGAGAAAUAAGGAUUAGGAUUUAAGUUUGUUUCCACCCAAAACAUAUUUUAGAGAUGUGGAUGAAAUCUUUAGUAGUUACUUGAAUGAGAGGAAUUAGGAAUUUUAGUUUGUUUCCACCCAAAACAUAUUUUAGAGAUGUGGAUGAAAUCUUUAGUAGUUACUUGAAUGAGAGGAAUUAUGAUUUUUAGUUUGUUUCCACCCAAAACAUAUUUUAAAGAUGUGGAUGAAAUCUCCUGAUUAUUUAAAUGAGAGAAAUAAGGAUUUUAGUUUGUUUCCACCAAAAACUUAGUUAAGAGAUGUGAAUGAAAUCUCUUAGUUACUUGAAUGAGAGAAAUUAGGAUUAGGAUUUUAGUUUGUUUCCACCAAAAACAUAUUUUAGAGAUUAGGAUUAGUAAUUGUUAGUAAUAAUGUUAAGAGGAGACGUUACACCGCUAUGCUACUAAAUUGAUUCUAGUAAUUGUUACUAAUAAUGUUACUAAAAUGCUUCAGUAACACAGUCAUGCUACUAAAUUGAUUCAGCAACACAAAAACAAACACAAAUAUAUAAAUAAAAAAGCAAAGCAAGCAAGGCUAAAUUAUUUAUGAAAUUCAAGGGACAUUUGCUAAAUUCAAAGACAAAAAAAAUAGAUGCUUCCAAAACUCUAAGAAACUAAAACUUAAAAUUCAAAUUGGAAAGGUCUUGCACAAUUUAUCUAAACAUGGACUAAUUGUAAAUAACAUCAAGGUAGAUGGUAUCAUGUGACCCAACCAUCGGAGCACCCCCUCUGAUCUUCACACCGUCACCCACAAAAACCAAGGUCAGGCACCAAGAUCGAUUCCGUAAAAGUCACGAAUUGCUUUCCAUCCCUUUGUGAGAAAAAAUGCUUCGUUUACUCUAUCGACCAAUAAUUCAAACUUGUUGGACUUAGGAUCAAUCAAUAUUGCAUAGCGCCCAAUUUGAUCUCCGAAAUCACCGCCAAACAUGUUUGGCAAGCAUACUGCACCCUAAAAAAAUAACAAACAAAAACAUCACAAACGUUGAUAAAAUAGAAUGCAAAUAAUUGAGAAUAGGUAUAUUUCGCAAAAAACACAUACAGCAUCAAUGUCAUAUUCAACGAUAUAUGAUAUGUAUUUCAGUCUGAGCUUGUUGAUUGCUUUGUCAAGAUCGGAAAAAGGGUUUUUCACCAACGGACCUACAAAAGAUUGAAAGGGAUUGAAAGAAUUAUUUAUACUUUAAAACAGUGAGGAAUAAGAGCAAAAAUCUAUAUAUUUAGUUUAAACCAGAGUGGAAUGAAGAUAUGGUUACCAGUGAGGCAGUGGUAUGACAGUAAAGUCUGAAUGUUUCUGGAAGCCAUGUUGAAAAGAGAUUUCGGUUUAGGAGAAAAGAUAAAAAUAUAUUGGUGAGGGUUUGGAGGAGAGAAAUAUAUGGUUUUAAAGAGAGAUUUCGGUUUAGGAGAAAGGAUUAAAAUAUAUUGGUUAGGGUUUGGAGGAGGGGAAUUAGGAAAUAUGAUUUAGGAGGAGUGAAGUUAGAAGGUUAGGGUUUGGAGGAGGAGAAUUAGGAAAUAUGGUUAGGUUUUAAAGGAGGGAAAAAUUGCUAAAAUAAUAGGGUUAAAAUAUUAGGUUAAAAUUAGGGCAACCAAGCUUUGUUUAGGAAUAAGAAGAUAUAUAACAAGAUGUAUCGAGAAAUUGAGAAGGAGGAAAAUUUAAUAAGGUUAAACAAAGGAAUUUAGCAUCAGGGUUAAAAUAGUAAAUUUAUGCAAUAGGUUUAGGUUAAAAUUAGGGCUAAAAUAUGCUUCUGUGUUAACUUUAAUAUAUAAGAAGAUAGGUUUAGGUUAAAAUUAGGGCUAAAAUAUGCUUCUGUGUUAACUUUAUUAUAUAAGAAGAUGUAUCGAGAAAUUGAGAAAGGGAAAAAUUCAAUAAGGUUAAACAAAGGAAUUUAGCAUCAGGGUUAAAAUAGUAAAUUUAUGCAAUAGGUUUAGGUUAAAAUUAGGGCUAAAAUAUGCUUCUGUGUUAACUUUAAUAUAUAAGAAGAUGUAUCGAGAAAUUGAGAAGAAGGAAAAUUCAAUAAGGUUAAACAAAGGAAUUUAGCAUCAGGGUUAAAAUAGUAAAUUUAUGCAAUAGGUUUAGGUUAAAAUUAGGGCUAAAAUCUGCUUCUGUGUUAACUUUAAUAUAUAAGAAGAUAGUAAAUUUAUGCAAUAGGUUUAAGUUAAAAUUAGGGCUAAAAUAUGCUUCUGUGUUAACUUUAAUAUAUAAGAAGAUGUUUCGAGAAAUUGAGAAGAAGGAAAAUUCAAUAAGGUUAAACAAAGGAAUUUAGCAUCAGGGUUAAAAUAGUAAAUUUAUGCUAUAGGUUUAGGUUAAAAUUAGGGCUAAAAUAUGCUUCUGUGUUAACUUUAAUAUAUAAGAAGACGUAUCGAGAAAUUGAGAAGGAGGAAAAUUCAAUAAGGUUAAACCAAGGAAUUUAGCAUUAGGGUUAAAAUAGUAAAUUUAUGCAAUAGGUUUAGGUUAAAAUUAGGGCUAAAAUAUGCUUCUGUGUUAACUUUAAUAUAUAAGAAGAUAGUAAAUUUAUGCAAUAGGUUUAGGUUAAAAUUAGGGCUAAAAUAUGCUUCUGUGUUAACUUUAAUAUAUAAGAAGAUGUAUCGAGAAAUUGAGAAGGAGGAAAAUUCAAUAAGGUUAAACAAAUGAAUUUAGCAUCAGGGUUAAAAUAGUAAAUUUAUGCAAAAGGUUUAGGUUAAAAUUAGGGUUAAAAUAUGCUUCUGUGUUAACUUUAAUAUAUAACAAGAUGUAUCGAGAAAUUGAGAAGGAGGAAAAUUCAAUAAGGUUAAACAAAGGAAUUUAGCAUCAGGGUUAAAAUAGUAAAUUUAUGCAAUAGGUUUAGGUUAAAAUUAGGGCUAAAAUAUGCUUUUGUGUUAACUUUAAUAUAUAUAAGAAGACGUAUCGAGAAAUUGAGAAGGAGGAAAAUUCAAUAAGGUUAAACCAAGGAAUUUAGCAUCAGGGUUAAAAUAGUAAAUUUAUGCAAUAGGUUUAGGUUUAAAUUAGGGCUAAAAUAUGCUUCUGUGUUAACUUUAAUAUAUAAGAAGAUAGUAAAUUUAUGCAAUAGGUUUAGGUUAAAAUUAGGGCUAAAAUAUGCUUCUGUGUUAACUUUAAUAUAUAAGAAGAUGUAUUGAGAAAUUGAGAAGGAGGAAAAUUCAAUAAGGUUAAACAAAGGAAUUUAGCAUCAGGGUUAAAAUAGUAAAUUUAUGCAAUAUGUUUAGGUUAAAAUUAGGGCUAAAAUAUGCUUCUGUGUUAACUUUAAUAUAUAAGAAGAUGUAUCGAGAAAUUGAGAAGGGGGAAAAUUCAAUAAGGUUAAACAAAGGAAUUUAGCAUCAGGGUUAAAAUAGUAAAUUUAUGCAAUAGGUUUAGGUUAAAAUUAGGGCUAAAAUAUGCUUCUGUGUUAACUUUAACUAGAUCGUCCACCCGUGCUGCCGCACGGAUCAUAUACAUUGUAAGUAUUGUAGACAAAAGCAAAAUUUUAUAAUACAGUCCCAACUUAUAAUUUUAAUGUCAUAAUUUGAAAUACAACUAUAGAAGGAAAUUGUAUAAUUGAUUCAAAAUAUUUUUAGUGACAUUGAGCAGCAAUCUAUAAUUUAAUAACAUAAGAGAUUUUGCCAAAAACACUGCACACAUCUCUUUUUCUCGUGAGUCAAUUACAUUGAAAAUUCAUAUAUUAUAUAUCACUAACAAAGAUAAAAAAAUUAUGUUGAAAGCAAUUUGUAUAAUUGAUUCAAAAUAUGUUUAGUUAACUUUAAUAUAUAAGAAGAUGUAUCGAGAAAUUGAGAAGGGGAAAAAUUCAAUAAGGUUAAACAAAGGAAUUUAGAAUGAGGAAGAACCUCCUUCAAUUGGUGUUCGUGUGUUGCUGGGAAUUGCAGUUGAAUCUGCAAGGAAACUAAGAGGGAAAAGGAAGAAGAUGAAGCCAGGGGUAUUUUGGUCUUUUCGCAAGUUACAUCAACUAAUCGGUGAUGUGGCACUGAUUAACUAGGUUGAGGGACCAAUUUUUAAGUGAUUAAUUUUUAGGAGGGUAAAUUGCCAGAAUUAAUGGAUACAGGGACCAUUUUUUAAAUGACCCCUAAUUACAGGGAUGAAAUACGUAUUUAAGCCGUUUCAAGUACAGAGUAAGUUGAAAUAUUUAAUCUCUGCAAGGAGUAUUUCACAUCACUUUUUAUCCUUUCCACUAAAUAUGAAUGCUUCUUUUCCACUUAACUUUACCAGCACAUCACAUUGAAUAUUCCUUACUUUAAGUAGAUAAUUAUAUGAUUCUACUUUCAUCUAAUUCUAAGGGACAAAUUAAAGUCUUUUGAUAUAUAUGACUUGAAAUCAGUUACCAGAGUUAUUCCUCAUUGAACUGUAACAUCAAAAAGAGUACCAACACACAAACUCAAGCAAUCUCUUUCUUCUUUACAUAGAUAAUAUAGUUAACAAAAACAAAUUACUUUCAGCUUUUUAUUCACCUUCCUUAGAAACAUGGUUAUAGUAUAAAUUCUCGCUUUAGUUAGAAGCUAUCGGGAAAAACACAAGUUUCAUAUUGAAGAGCGAUAAAGUCUAAAAUAGUUUAUAAAGAGUGACACUACUCAUCUAACAAGGCGAUUUUAUAAGGAUGAGUUAGACAUAAUAUAAAAAUCGAAUAUUGAUAUCAGAGUUUAUCCAUUCGGUUCAUCCACCAAAAUAUGAACUCACUAAUCCAAUAGUGUUUGUUUUGUAACACAAUAUAAAACCAAUAUAAAGUGCUUGUUUUCGUGAAGGAGUCUGUUUUAGGUGGUGACGUGUAUUUUGGUGGGUGUUGUCAUCAUGGAUGUUUUUUAGGGUGUUUAUUUUCGGGUGUUCCGCCUAUAUACGGCGUCUUUAGUUUGUAUUCUUUAAUUUACCGGUCUUUGUUCGUCUUAAGCAGAAAUCUAGUUGUUUAAAAAAAAUUGCUGCGAAAAAAUAUAUAUAUAUAAAGAACAUAAUACAAGCCACUCCUGAUAAUCUUAAAACACAACAAUUUUUAUUCUCUCCAAGUGCUGUCUCCCCCUCAAGAGACAUCAUUAAUCAAACACAAAACAAUGGCGACAAAAUUUGGUUUUAGUAAAACCUCUAGGAACAAAUCGAUUAAACAACACUUCAAAGUUUGUUUUUGUUUCAACAGAAUGUUUAAGCUCAAGGUGGCUGAACCACCAGAAGAAAUCAACAAUAUUUUUUAUAGGUAUGCACAAAAUGGUACCAUGACCAUGGAUGAAUUGUACUACUUUUUAGUUCAUUUUCAAGGAGAAAAGGGUGGUGAUGCUACCCAAAAACAUGCUCAAGAUGUUUUCCAUAGUUUAAGACAUCUCAAUAUAUUUCAAAGGAGAGGUCUUCAUUUUGAUGCCUUCUUUCGUUAUCUUUUUGGUGACCUAAAUGGCCCCAUAGGUGAUCAGGUAAAUUUUCUUCCAGUUUAUCCUUAUUAUCUAUGAAGCACGGACACCGGACACUGACACGACGAAACCGUUAAUAAUUUGAGAAAAUCACAUAAUUCAAUGUAAUUAUAGAUGUCGGUAUCGAGUCAGUGUCGGACACGACACGUGUCAGACACCAGGACACACCUAAUCCGAGGAAUGUCCGUGCUUCAUAGUUUAUUAUCAUUUUUUUUAUAUCAUUUUGUAUUUAUGUUAGUUCAACUGCUAACUUUAUCAAAUACUACAAAUUUAAUCGGCUAGUUUAUCUACUAUAUUUUUUUUUUUUGAGAGGAGUUUAUCUACUAUAAUUAACAUGACAGUUAUAAAUUCAUCCGUUAUCAACUAGCGUUUAUCAAAAAUAUACAUGACUUUUUACCAAAAAGAGCCAAAAACAUGCAUAUAUCUUUUGGUUCCACUAAAUCCUUAACAAUUACAAUUAUAUAUUUGAAUUUUUAAAUAAAUUGUCUGUUUUUUAUUUCAGGUGCAUCAAGAUAUGAAUGCUCCAUUGGCUCAUUAUUUUUUGUACACAGGGCACAACUCCUACUUAACUGGAAAUCAAUUGAGUAGUGAAAGCAGUACUGCACCAAUAAUAAAAGCUUUGAAAAAAGGAGUUAGAGUAAUUGAGUUGGAUUUGUGGCCAAAUUCUAGAGAAGAUGAUGUGGAAGUUCGUCAUGGAGGGUAUAAGUUUAGUUUUCAACUACGAAGCACGAACACUCCUUGGAUAAGGCGUGUCCCCGUGUCAGACACGUGUCGUAUCCGACACCGACACAUAUAAUUACACAGAAUUAUGCGAUUGUUUAAAAAAUUUAGUUGUGUCGGCGUGUCUAUGUCGUGUCCGGUAUCCAUGUCCAUACUUCAUAGGUUUUCAAUAGCAUAUUAGUUUAAGUUCAAUAUUAUAGCACAUUGUUGAUUUCUUGUGCAUUCCAACUUUCAGCUUUAUAUAUAACUUAAACUAAUUGACUUAUUUUUGAGCUGUAGGACUCUGACUUCUUCGGUGAAACUUAGAGAUUGUUUGAAUGCCAUUAGGGACAAUGCAUUUGAUGCAUCAAAGUAUCCAGUUAUAAUAACUUUUGAAGACCAUAUAACUCCACCUCUUCAACGCAAAGUCGCCAAAGUUUGUAAAUUUUUUGCAUUAUUUAUGCCACUAUAUAUCAUAUAGUCUUAAAUUAAAGUAACAAUUUAAUAUUUAUAAUGCAGAUGGUGGAUGAUAUAUUUAGAGGUAUGUUGUUUCGUCCAAACUAUGCACAUCAAAUGAAGAAAUUCCCUUCACCAGAAGCGUUGAAGGGGAAAAUUCUGAUUUCGACGAAACCACCGGAGUCUCUUGAAAGUCAAAGCCAAAAGGUACAAGAAGAAGAAGUUGAUGAGUUGCUUGAGGACAAAGAUGAUGGAUCUAGAGUCAAUGAAGAGGUGAAAAUUUGAAUUCAUUUAGCUUAUGAACCUGUUCGCUACGAACUAUGAAAAAAAUUGAUAUUCAAUAAUUUAGAGAUUCAUUUUAAGAGAGUUUGAAGCAGUUUUUCGAUUUCUUUUGAGAUUCUCAUUUGUAUUUUUUUAAGAUAUGUAAUAAACAAAUGAAAAUUUCUAUUUUUUUUCUAAAUAGCUUAAUAAGCAUUUUUUGCAAUUAAUUAGGAUGAGUUGGAUGAUGAGAAUGAGGAGGAUGAGUCUCUUGGAUAUAGGAAUUUGAUUUCUAUUCAUGCUGGGAAACCAAAAGGUAAUGUGGAACACUGGUUGACGGAACAUGAUCAAGUUAGGCGUCUUAGCUUGAGUGAGCAAGUUCUUGAAGAUAUCGUCAAAACUCAAGGAUCUGAAAUUGUCAGGUGAUUUUAAAUGUAUUUUUGGUUGAUCGUAUUGUUGAACCUCAAUAAUUUUAAUUUAGUUAAUCGACUCGUAAGAGUGUGAAACUCUCUCAACACCUAUAUUUUUUCAUUCACAAAACUCUAACACAAAAUACCAAUUAAGUUCAUAUGCUCUAUUUUUUUACCCUAUUGUUAAUUGUUACAACAAUGAAUAUUAUUCCAUUCUAUGCUUUAGAUUCACCCAAAGGAAUUUGCUUAGAAUAUAUCCAAAGGGUUCACGUGUAACUUCCUCCAAUUAUGAUCCUAUGAAUGGAUGGAUGCAUGGAGCUCAAAUGGUAGCAUUUAAUAUGCAGGUUAGACUUCACUUUCCAUUUAUUUGACAAUUGAGAGAAGAGAAGGGAAAAAUAUGAAUUGACUCUUAAAAAGCACUAUGCUACUCUUAUAAAUAUAUUUCAUUUUGUCUCUUAAUAACUUUCAGAAGUGUCAACUUAUAAUUAAAUAUAAGAAGCUAAUUAGGAUAAAACUAAAUAAUAACGGGGAAUUAGUCACUUUAGUCCCUAAGUGAGAAAAGAGUAGUCACUUUAAUCCCUAAAUGCAGAGAAAUUGCAAAACAAUCCUUGAAUGUAGACUUUAUUCAAUUUCAGGGACUAAAGUGACAAACAGAGUCUACAUUCAGGGACUAUAUUGACUAAUGGAGUCUGCAUUCAGGGACUAAAGUGAUUAACAGAGUCUGCAUUCAUGGACUAUUUUGCAAUUUAUCUACAUUCAGGACCUAAAAUUACAACUUAUUUUCUAUUCAAGGACUAAAAUGACUAAUCUUCCAAAUAAUAACAUAAAACUAUGAAUGUAACAUGGUCAAAAACAACAUCAAAGCAUCCUAUUAUAACAACUUGCAUCCUAAGAAAAGUAUUUUUUUUUAAAACUCCUAAGAAAAGUAUUUUCAUAAUAACAUAUGGCGGAAUUUCACACUCAUGCAUCCUUCAUUUUAUACAAUUGUUGGUAUGUUAUGCAAUUUGGUGUCUGCUUUCCAUUAUUUAUUUAUAAAUUUGGGAAUAGAAAUCAAAAAAGUUUGAGGAUUUUUUUUCGAAUCAUGUUAACUAGGGUCACUAAGACACUACUUAACAUUUUCCUUUUCUUAUUUAUUUAUUGGGAAUAUUAAUUAUUAACUUUGUUUUACUUAAAGGGACAUGGGCAUUAUCUUCAAUAUAUGGAAGGAAUGUUCAAAGCCAAUGGUGGAUGUGGGUAUGUUAAGAAACCUGAUAUCUUAUUGAACAAUAAUAAGAUGUAUGAUCCUAGAGUAUACCGACCAAAGAAAACUCUUCAGGUAAAGGGAAUGUAGAUACUUAUAAUUCAUAUUUGGAAUUGAUACUACAAAAUUUAUCUUCUAAUAUAUAAAAAAUAAAAAACAGGUUCACGUAUACAUGGGUGAAGGUUGGCAAUCUGAAUUCGGCCAAACACACUUCGAUUUUUAUUCUCCACCUGAUUUUCGUGUACAGGUAAUUAUACUGUGAUUGAAAUGACUUAAGGACUUGUUUAAAUUGACUUAUUUAAGACCAUCUAUAACUUAGGUAUUUGUGAAACUAAUACCGUACAGUUGAAUUUGUGAAAACAUCUUAUGACAUGUUUAAAACAUGUUUUCAGCUUACUUUCGCAAUCUCUUUAUGACAUAUUUAAAGCAUUUGUUAGUAUUUCACAUUCUUAUAAUAGAUGUAAUGUAACAGUAGUCCUAUGUGUUUCCGUUAAAAAUAGUAUUAUGAAUCAAUCUGCUAUAUUUUCAUGUCAACUAAUUUUAGGAUCAUUGUGCUAAAAUAUGCACAAAAAAUUAAUUGUGAAGUCAGUAUGAACAAACCCCACAAACAUGAAAAUUGUAAGAGAAAUGUUAUUAACAAUUUUGUUGUCCAAAACCGUAUUUACUUACAUCGUAAAUACAAUUUUGUUUUUUUAUUAGUUUUCUAUCUUUCUCUAAAUCAAAUCAACAGCUAUAAAUAAUACAUUUUGAGAUGAUGUUAAAUAGUUGUCAAUUUUUAGAUGCUCAAAUAAAAUUCCUCAAAUAUAACGUGUCAAUAUUGUGCAGGUUGGUAUCCAUGGUGUUCCAGUUGAUACAGACACCAAAGUAACCAGGACCAAGGAAGAUGAGUGGGUCCCAGUUUGGAAUGAGGAGUUAAACUUUCCAUUAACUUAUCCAGAAUUGGCACUAUUACACAUUAAAGUUAUUGAACGUGACUUUUCUGGACAACAUGAUUUUGCUGGACAAACAUGUUUACCUGUAUCAGAGUUAAGAGAAGGAAUUCGUUGUGUUCGUUUGUGUAACCGCAAAGGUGAACCUUAUAAGCAUGUUAGGCUUUUAAUCCAAUUUCGAUUUUCUAAUCACUAGUAGUGAAUUUGUUUGUGUUUGUAUUAUGAAAGAUAUAAACACAUGUAAAUAUAAAUAAUUAGUACAAUUACGAAGAUAUGGUAUGUUCGGUUCGUUCCUACGCAAGAAUUUCUCGUGUAUUAGUACGGAAUAUAUCAAAGAUAUCCUCCACAUAUAGAAGUCACUAAAGAAUGAUUUCUCAUCCCUCUUCAUUAUGUAAACAAAAUUGGCAUACAUGCUUCUCAAAAAAUCGGUUUUCGAACAAAACUCACUAAACCAACGAUACCAGUACUUUGAAAUUUGUUUCAACUCAUACAAAUAUUUCUUCAAAAGACCCACCGUAGAUUUAUCCUCUACAAAACCUUUUGGUUGCUCUAUGUAAAUUGUCUCUUCAAGGUCUCCAUGUAAGAAAACCGUUUACGUAUCCAUUUGUUCCAACUCAAAAUUGUAGAUUAAUAAUUGCCGUAAGUACCCGUAUGAAACAAUGAUUUACGACAUAUAAGAGAAUCUCUUUGGAGUCAAUCCCCUCAACUUGAGUAAACCAUUUGUCACAAGCCUUAAUUGGUUCUUCGAUCGUUGAAUCACCUUUAUUCUUUAAACAAUGAGUUUGAACUUUUCUUUCAUGAAUCUUAGCAAGUCUUUUUUUUUUAUAUCAUAUCCAUUUUUUUUAAAUAGAUCAAAUAUAUCCCCGGAUCCUUUAAAUUUCAUGUUUGUUUCAGACAGAUCCUUUAAGUUUCUAAAAUUUCAGGCCUUUUAAAUACAAAUGUUAGUAUUUUCUCGAUUAGUAGGAUUCAAAUCUUUGAACCUUUAAUUAACUUUUUAUCCAACCUCUUAAUUUCUUAGCUCAACCAAAUUACACAUCCCCGGUAAUAUCCAUGUUUUUUUAGUAUCACGUCUUAUAUUAUUAUUAUUAAGAGUAAUGAUAUUUGAACAACUAUUUUAAAAUAAUUUUUGGGACAAUCUUGUUGUUCUUUUUUCAAUGGUCAAAAACAAAAGAGAAAGAAAAAGUAAGAGAGAGAAUAAAAAUAUAAUGUGAAUAUGAGAGAGAAAAUUGUACAAAAAUUAUACAAAAAUGAUUGUACAAAUAUCAUUUCUAUUAUUAAAGUUGACUGAAAUGGCUUUUUAGUGAACAAAUAAUAGCAAAAGACAAAAGGGUGAGUUUCGGGUAAAAAGGUCCUUGUAGACUCAAAAGCGAGAAAGUGAUAUCUUUUAACUUAUUUUGAUUAAGUGGGCACGGCAUAGGUCUGUUUAAGCUCAGCCACCGAGACAGAAAGACAAGACAAGCACUAACAAAUAUUUGAUCAAAGAAAAUCAAUGUAAAUUACUUUUCAUUUUUAGGAUACAGUUUAUGUUUGACUUGGAUCCAUUAACCUUGAAGAUCAAUUCUAUCAUCUCCACUAACAUGGAUCAAUCAACUAAAAUCAAUGUAUUUAAUUUGAUAAUAAAGAUUGAAUAUAUUAAGUUUUUUUCUCUCUCUUUAUUUACAAAAUAUACGGUUCACACUAAUGAAGAUAUUAUCAUAUCUCUUAUAAAAAUUACUUAAAUUUGAGCAAAACUAUUUAAAUAUAGUAUUUUCUUCUACUUUUAAAGAAAAUAUGUAAAUCUCCGUGAUCUUAAUUCAAUUGUUAGAAAUAUUACAUUUUAAAUGCAUGGUUUAUAUAUGAACCUUGGAUUUCCCACUUGUUCACCUUAUAAAAUAGAGAAUCUAACUACUUGACUACUUACCAAAAAUAAAUAAAUAAAUAAAAUACCAAAAACCUCGUGUUUUUUUUAAGGAAAAACUCUCCUAUUUUUGGUGAAUACAUAUACUCUCAUUUAUUUGUAAAAGUGUAACAUUAAUUAUUAUUAUUGUUGACAAGAAAUAAGCUUCAUUCAUUGAAAUACUAAAAUAGUAACAAUACAAUCAAAAGGAUCAUACGUUGGGACAUUUCUCAUCCAUAUAUUAGGAAUUAUUAAGAUAGUUAGAUAGAUGCUAAGGGUACAUUAUAAACUUUCAAAAGGCAUUAAUGCAAUAGCAAAACAAACUUCAAAUCUUAACAACCAAGCUAAAUUCUUACUCCUAUGACCAUAAGUCAAUAAUAAAUCGAGAUUCACGUAAUCCAACUUCAGAAAAAGAUAUUUGCAGGUGUUUGCACAAAUCGAUUAUUUGUGAUCUUUUAUAUGACCAAUUCUACCACAUAUUGACAAUACAUUUGUGUAAUUGAAAGGACCUUGAAUUUAGUGAUAGACGUUAUAAACCCCCUACUCGAAAUAGAGUACCUUUGAAGCGAGUCAUUCUCAAGCAUUUUAGCAAACAUAUAAGGUGCAAACUUGAAGCAAAUUAAGCAGAACAAUGAAAUAAAUAAGGGUAUUGUUAACAAGUGCCCUCGGGGCACUCUUUAAGCAUCCCAAAUUUAGUAACUAUUUUUUUAAAAAGUCAACAAUUACAAUUUCCAAUGCAUUCAAUACACAACUUUUCAUUAAAAACUUACCACUUAAAGUGUUUAAAGAGUGCUCCGGGGGCACUAGUUAACAUUUCCCAACAAAUAAAACAACCACAAAGACUUUGAAUCUCAAACCCAGUGAAGAUAAUAGAGUAGACCAUGGUGGCUUUCAAGGGGACCGUUUAUACGACUUUUUCACUUGAGAUAAUAGCCAUAACAGCUAGAUACAAAGGACGUGGUGGACGAUCCGUCGUAGGAACGCUUGAAUGAGGCGUGUAGGAAUUGAUCUCAUCGUCAUAGCACAACGAGGGAAAGCACAAAAAGAUAGUCAGAACAUAUUUCACGAGAAAGCGAACGAUGGUAUAAAUGGAUGGGUUGCGAGUGAAGGCGAUUAAAGCCAGAUAUUUACUUUUUAUCUUUUUUAAUCUCUUAACUCAACUAAAUGAGUUACUCAUGCCUAAAAUUUAUGGGUUGUAAUUCAUAUUCAUAAUAUGAGUAAUGCAAAGGGGAAUAGGAUAAAAAGUUAUGUAAAACCUUUAUAUAAGAAAAAAAAUUAGAGUGCAGAGACAUCAUCGUUCCAAGGUAAACUUGUCACCCAUACUUCAUUAUCACACUCAAGAAUGAUGCACAAUAUAUUCUACAAAAUAUACCUGCAAAAGGAUGUACAUAAAAGCUAUGUGUAGUAGUCACAAAGGUACUAAAGAAAGGCAAUGGAAUAGGAAACAUAACAGGGAACUCACUUAUUUCCCUUCCACAUUGAAAGAAUCUAUACCCACCAUCUGUUUGAUUAUGAAUAGCCAAAGUUAAUGGUCCCACACCACUCAAACUAAUCUAUCCCACCAUAAUAUCAACCCCAGAAAUAAAACACACACAAACAAAUACAAUACAAAUGUCAAAAAACACAUCAUAAUCUAAUCUGCCACAUCACCACCAUCAUCAUAAAAAAGAAGAAAAAAUGCAUCCAAAACCAAAUUGGAUUUCCAACUGUCACUAACUACUCAUCCUCACCAACUAGUAGAACAUCUCUAAAACAUCUGAUCUCAAUCAAACAAUCGAUAAAAUAAGUUAACUUUAACUUUUAUUCAAAUUAAAAUUAUCAAAUUUAAAAUUUAAAUUGUCCGAUCUCAAUCAAACUAUCACCGAUCAUCUGACUAAAUAAAUGCGUACAGUCAAUGACAAAGAGAGGAUCACCACUAAGACCAACCAAAAAUAGAGUCACUCUUGGGAGUCUUUUCUCCCUCUUCUCCUCUUGUUGUCAUAACCUGAUAAAUAAUCACUCCAAUUAUAUUUCCACACUAUGAACAAGUAAAGUAAAACCCAAACUAAAUAAACCCUCAUACUAAUUUAUUUCUUCAAUCAUCAUCAUCAUCUCUUCACUAAAAUCCAAACCCCAAAACCUGGUACCUUACAUACACAUAUACAUAUAUCAAUAUUCAAUUCAAUACUAUAGUAUAGUAUGAUAUGUCAUAAUAAAAUAUAAUAUUACUAUUAUUGCUAUUGUGUUAUUUUAUUUUUUAUAUAUGGUUGCCGGCGAUGCCGACGCCGGUAAGCUCCGCUCGUCAAUUCCUAACCGACGAAGCGGCGCGUGCCCUCGACGACGCAGUAGCCGUCGCACGCCGUCGCAGCCAUGCACAAACAACCUCCCUUCACACCAUCUCCGCCUUACUCUCCCUCCCAUCUUCAUCCCUCCGCGACGCCAUCUGCCGAGCUCGAACCGCCGUUAGAUUCCCGUCAUUCUCGCACCGUCUUCACCUCCGAGCACUUGAGCUCUCCGUCGGCGUAUCCCUCGACCGCCUCCCGUCGUCAAAACCAUCUCCGGUAGAAGAGCCGCCGGUUUCGAAUUCUCUCAUGGCGGCGAUCAAAAGGUCUCAGGCGAAUCAACGCCGGUCGCCGGAGAGUUUUCAUUUCUACAACCAUAACGGAACGACGCCGUCUUUGUUGAAAGUUGAACUGAAACACUUCGUUCUAUCCAUUCUUGAUGAUCCUAUAGUGAACCGUGUUUUCUCUGAAGCUGGUUUUCGUAGUUGUGAUGUUAAACUUGCUUUACUUCAACCACCGGUUCAAUCAUCAUCCCGGUUUUUAUCCUCUCCGCCGGUUUUUCUUUGUAAUCUUGAACCGGGUCGAACCGGGUUAACUCCUUUUCCUUUAGGGGUUGAUGAGAAUUCAAGAAGAAUAGCUGAGGUUAUAGCAAUGAAAGGUAAAAAGAUGAAUCCUUUGUUGAUGGGUGUUUAUGCAAAAGAUGCUUUUAGAAAUUUUGUUGAGUUGUUACAAAAGGGUUUAGGUGGUGGUUUGUUUCCACCUGGGAUGUCUGGUUUGAGUGUUGUGUGUGUUGAAAAGGAGAUUGUCGAGUUUGUUAAGGAUGGUGGGAGUGAGGAGAAGAUGGGUUUGAGGUUUAAGGAAGUGGGGUGUGAGGUGGAGAAAUGUUUGGGUGCUGGUGUUGUUGUUGGGUUUGGAGAGAUUGAGGUUUUGGUUGGGGAUGAUGUGGAUGGUGGAUGUAUUAAGUUUGUUGUGUCGGAGUUGGGGAGAUUGUUGGAGGUUUAUGGUGAGAAGGUUUGGUUGAUGGGUGUGGCUGAAACGUCGGAGGCUUAUUCGAAGUUUUUGAGGUUGUUUCCGGGUGUGGAGAAGGAUUGGGAUUUGCAUUUGGUUACUGUGACAUCUGCUACUCCUUCAAUGGAAGGACUCUACUCUAAAUCCAGGUUAGUUCUAUCUAUGAAGCACAGGCGCGGACCUGUCCGGACACCAGACACAACACUUGACACGUAGAUACUGAUAAUAAUUUAAAAAGUUGAAAGUGAUUAAAUGUAAUCACAUGUGACCAUGUACACAUGUUAGACACCAGCCACAUUGAAUUGAAGAGUAUAGAUGUCUAUUGGUUGUGGUUUGUACUUGUCAUGAUUUUGGUUGAAGUGUACACAUAGGUACUAUGCAGGCCUCUUAUAGGUUCAUAUACGCACACAUAUAUCAAUAUACAUUUAUGAAAACAUAUCAGAAUCAUCAUGUAUUUAAGGCAAUGCAUAUUUAGAAUGGUAAGUGAGAUCAUAGAAAAAUUAAUGAAUAUGAUUGUGACUUGGUUGUGUUUGUUAAUUUGUGCCAAAGGUUAUGGGUUUUUGCUAUUUUUGGUUACUCUCUUCUGACUUCUGUCUUCCUUAUUAAUCUUUCCCUCUUGCUUUUUUGGAAGGGUUGUUUGGUAGAAGUGGAAUUUUUAUGAACAAGUUAUUAUACUUUAAUCUCCCUUACUCAAUUCAAACCUCUAUUAUGUUUUUACUUUUUUCUUUUUUCAAUAGUAAAAUGAAAGUUAGUCCUUGUAAUUUAAGGUACUACUUGUUGGCAUUGUCAAAGUUGUGAUUUUAAGCAUGGAUUGCUAGAAAGUUUUCUUUUUUCAAACUCUUAUUGUGAGCCCAAAAAAUUCAUUAGUCUGUUGUUAUAUACAUACAUAUUGGCUACGAUAUACUUGAUUUUCGUAUACGGUGCUUUUAAGUUACAGGUCUCUCUUACUGUGUGCACUUUAGCUUCUGACUAUUGUACCGAUUGUAUCUCACAGUUCCAUGCUCAUGAUAAACUUACAGUUUGAUGGGGUCCUUUGUUCCAUUUGGUGGAUUCUUUUCUACACCUCCUGAAAGCAAAAGUCCCAUUAGCUCUGCAAAUGCAUCAUUUACUCGCUGUGACAAAUGCAAUGAAAAGUAUGAACAAGAAGUUGCUGAUGCUUUUAAGGUAGAUCCUGCUACUCUGGCAUCAAAUUACACAACAAGCUUGCCUUGGUUUAAAAAGGUUGUUGAUGUGGAUACACAUGGAGGACUUGAUGUGGCAAAGGUUUGUUAUGAUCGCCAAAUCUUAGAUAUUCUUGUCUUGUGCAUACUUGGCAUUCACAUGCAUACACAUAAUGUGUGCAACAUGGUGGGGGCAAUUAUUGUACUAAUCUACUUAAAUAAUUUAAGGGUAUAAAUAAUGCUAGAUUUCCUAUACUGGUUAAAGUAAUUUGGCUGCCCUAAAGUGAGAAGUCACUUUAGAGUGUGAAGUAAGUAAUUAUAUUUAUAGGCAUUUAUUUGGAAAUCAAUGGUUGAGUUUGUGAUCAUAUGCAUGCAAGUGUUUGACAAACUAUGAAGUUUAUAUGCCAAUUAUUGAUUUUAGAAUCAAUAGCUAGCUUAUUUAACCCUCCUAAGUGACUCAUUCACUUUAAAGAAGCCAAAUAAGGUAACAAAAACCUUUCCAAUCAAUAAAAAAGAUGGAAAUUUGAUGAUUCGUUUGUAAAAACCAAAUAAAAGAAUAAUGUUUCUCUUUUAUUUUCUCCCUGUGAAUAUUCUUUUGCUGAGCCUAUGGGCUUACGAUGAUCAAAUUUAGAUUUAUAUCAAACAUGUUAUAUCAAAUAAUGGGCAUGGAUAUCUAUUCAACAUCCACUAGUAUAGUGACCUAUAUUUUUUUUGAAGAAGCUAAAUUAGCCCACCUAAAUUAGCACCGGGGGAAUCGAACCUGAGACCUCAAGGAGGAGCACACUCCCAGGUCACAAGCCAAUACCACCAAGCCAACCCAAGUGGGUUUAUAGUGACCUAUAUUAGUUUUGGUUAUACCAUAUAAAUCUGCAGUUGCUGAAAUGACUUUUUUGCUAUCAGUAUUGGGACACAAGAAAAUCAUAUAUUUUCUUUAUAACUCUUAAAACAUCUGCAAGUUAUUCUAGAAUGUUAACCUAUAAAAUGAUUUGGAGUUCUAUUUUUCUCACGAAGAACCGUAAGAUUUUGUUUCUUGAGUUUAUAACUCUUAACAUCUGCAGGUAAAUGAAGAAAAUACAAGCUUGAAUGAUAAGAUAUUGGGAUUUCAAAAGAAAUGGAAUGAUAUUUGUCAACGUCUUCAUCAAGCAAGGUCUCAUGUCCCAUCACUUGAAGUUUUACGGUUUGGUUCAGGUUUUAACGAAGGCAGCAGUAAAGAUUCAUCACUUAAUGAACUCCAACGUUCUAGUCCAUUUUCCUACAUGCCUAAAGAGUUGCAUGGUACUUUUCCAUCAAAACAUUUAUCACCCACUCCAGUACAUACUGGUAGAGUUAGUGUCAAUGUUGGAACUGAUCGUGUGCCGAAAGUUACAGAGACUCAACAAAAUGACAUGACGACUCCUUGGCUCGCCCCUUCACGUAUGGCCAAUAUGAGUGUACUGGAAAACAAAUCAUCUUCAUCCCUUAUUCCUGUGACCACAGAUUUAGGAUUGGGAACGUUAUAUACAUCAACACCAAUUGCUCACAAGCCAGAUACUUCAGAAUUUCAAGAUAAAAUAAAGCAUUUUGAGCACUUUCCAGAGUCUACUUCAGCUGAUUCUGUUGCUGUCAAUGGAAAUACAUCACAUAAGAUUGCUAGAUCCUCCUUCCCGGCUUCAAACAUGGCAACAAAAUUUGAUUCAGUAGAUUUCAAGUCUCUUAAUAAACUUCUCUUUGAAAAGGUUGGCUGGCAGAAUCAGGCGAUAUGUGAUAUCAACCGAACUCUGUCCCUUCAUAAAUCCGGUGAAGGGAAGAGCAGAGACUUGCAUGGUAGAGCAGACAUAUGGUUUGCUUUCCUAGGACCAGAUAGAAUUGGAAAAAAGAAAAUUGCUUCGGCACUUGCAGAGACUAUAUUUGGAAAUACAGAAAGCAUCAUCUCUUUGGAUCUCGGCUUCCAAGACGGGCUUUACCCACCGAACUCGAUUUUCGAAUGCCAAAAGUCAUUAUGUUAUGACUUGUUUAUAAGGAAAACAGUUGUGGAUUAUAUUGCUGGGGAGUUGAGUAAAAAUCCUCAUUCCGUUGUCUUUCUAGAAAAUGUAGAUAAAGCUGAUUUUCUGGUGCAGAGUAGUUUGUUGCAGGCAAUAAGAAGAGGUAAAUUUCCAGACUCGCGUGGAAGGGAAAUAAGCAUCAACAAUGCAAUCUUUCUUUUAUCCUCGACUGUCUGUAAAGGCAACGGCUCUUCUGCUUUGGUGGAAGGCAACUUAUUUUCUGAAGAAACAAUACUUGAAGCCAAAAGAUGUCAAAUGCAAUUACUACUCGGAGAUACAUCUGAGGAUGCCAAAAGAAGCUUUAGUACAAAUGUCAAGAUUGUGCGGAGGAAAGGGUUUUCCAAACCAUCAUUUAUGAAUAAAAGAAAACGAGCUGAUACUAGUGACUUCAAAGAGGGAGCAGCAAGCAAGAUGCAAAAACAGGUUUGCGAGACAUCGAUGUCCUGUCUGGAUUUAAAUAUGCCUCUAGACGAGGGUGAAGAAGGUAUGGACGAGGACAACAAUGACCAUGAACGCGAUUUUGUAGUGGAAAACUCAGAUUCCUGGUUUAGUGAUUUCUGCGAUAAAAUGGACGAAAAAGUGGUUUUCAAGCCAUUCGAUUUUGAUGCACUUGCUGAACAAUUACUAAAAAGCAUUAGCAUACAAUUUGAAAAGGCAUUUGGUUCAGAGUUUCAGUUGGAAGUCAAUUAUGAGGUAAUGGCACAGAUACUUGCCGCUGCUUGGUUAGCAGACAAGAAAGAUGCAGUGGAUAAUUGGGUUGAAAGUGUACUUGGCAAAGGCUUCUUUGAAGCUCAGCAGAAAUACCACCCUGUAACUAAAUAUGUUGUGAAACUAGUUAACUGUGAAUCUAUUUUUGUCGAAGAACCUGAUCUUGGAGUAUGCCUUCCUGCUAGCAUUAACUUGAAGUAAAUUUUGGCUUACUAUUUAGUAUUAUUGUAAUUACUUGUAAAAUGUAGCUUUUAGAUAUAACAUAUGGUAGUUGGUAGCAUUGUUCAGCUUAUUAAUCUCACAUUUUUUGUUGUGCUGAUCAUCGUGUUGUAAGUUUUAUGAUGAUAAAAGAAUGUGUAGUUUUCUCUGGUAUAAUACCUAGUUAACAUGUAUUUUCUCUGUAUAUUUCUUUAUACGUUAUUGUGCUCUAAUAUAUUUGUUUGCAGAGGUUUGCUAUUUGAACACGAUUUUUGGACAAAACACAAAUAAAAAAUACUUAAACACACACAUAGAUAAGAAAAAUUAAAAGAUAAAAGUGAGAAAUGAUGUGACUAAUCUAUUUCUUUUUCAAUUUGUGUGUUCAAAUAUUUUUUAUUUGAAGUUGUGACUAAAUAAGAUUUGUUCACCUAGCAAACACAAAAAGGGAAUUGUACGUUCUAGUUGUGCGUUCUGUUAUCGAGGUGGGUGAAAAUGUUAAUAAAAAAUUAAAAAAGAUAUAGAAACCGUUUUGUUAUACGGUGUGGUUGUUGUGAUUUGUGUUCACAAAUAAUUCCCGUAGUUUGAAAUUGUUAUACAUUAUUGUACCUAAAAAAAUAUCUACUUAUUCCGAUGGUUGAUAUUUGUUCUGGUUACAAUUUUUUUUUAGGUUUAAUUGUUCUUUUGUCCCUUAAUUAUUUAAUUGGUAUCGCUUUGGUCCCUUAAAAAAAAAAAGAUUGUUUGAGUACUUUAAGUUUUUUUUUAGUCUCGUUUUGGUCCCUUCUGUUAGGUUUCCGUUUGGGUUUUAAAAAAAAGUUAACUCCUGGACACGUGUCACCUUGUCAUUGGCUCUGAGUUUUUUUUUUUACAAAAAAAAAAUUAAUUAUUUUUUUUAAAAUAUAUAUAUUUUUUUAAAAAAAAUCCCAAAGCCAAUGACAACGUGACACGUGUCCCAGGGUUAACACGUGUCACCUUGUCAUUGGUUCUGGGAAUUUUUUACAAAAAAAUAUAUAUAUAUAUAUAUAUUAAAAAAAAUUAAUUUUAAAAAAAAUAUAUAUAUAUAUAUAUAUUUUUGUAAAAAAAAAAAAAAAAAAAAACCUCAGAGCCAAUGACAAGGUGACAUGUGUCCACACUUAACGUUUUUUUUAUUAAAACUAACGGAAACCUAACAGAAGGGAUCAAAACGAGACUAAAAAUAAACUUAAAGAACUCAAACAAUCUUUUUUUUAGUUAAGGGACCAAAGCGAUACCAAUUAAAUACUUAAGGGACUAAAAGAGCAAUUAAGCCUUCUUUUUAUAUUGAUAUAAAGGGGAUGUGCUUAGAGUAGUAGCCGUCCAAAUGUCGAAAUGAAGUAAAUCAUCCUCACGACUAGAUACAUAAGGGUUGUUGGCGAUGGGAUAAAUACUUUUUUGGACGGAUCCUUGGGUGGGUCGUAGCCCUAUGUGUGACAGAUACAAACAUUUAUAUGAUUUAUUAGAAAAUUAAUUGACGGAGAAGGUUGUUCGCGCGAGAAAAAGAGAUGGAAGGGGCAUGCUGUGCUUUGCUUCAAAAUAUUGUUUUCCAGGUUGGCAUGGUGGAUAGAUAGGAAAUGACAUUUAGAGCCUACCAAUAGUUAUACAAUUAGCGGCAUUAUCAAUUGUUAACGAAUGUGGAACCGACUGCUCAUUUAGCUAUUAUUAUUUGGCAUAAAGUAGUUCUCUUCUUUUUUUUGGCAGUUUCUCUGCAAUCAGAUUUCAAUUAAGGAUAGCUUAAUCUGGAGAGGCAUCCUUCAACAUGAUUCUUAGUAUUGUGUGAGUGGUUGGGGUUUAGAUGGAAUGUUGAACAUCUUUUUUGGAGGUUUAAUUACUUCUAGAGUAUUUGGUCUCUUCUUCGACAUUGGAUUGACAUUUGCUCGUUUGAUCCGCUUCGAUUAUCAAACCACUUUCUUCAAUUAGGUCAUACAUACGGAUCUUCUAAAUCACUUCAAACUUUUUUUUUCUUUGGUUAAUUUGAUUCUCGUGCGUUUGGAUGAAUUGAAAAGAAAUGAAUAAUAGAAUUUUUUUUCAUAAUGAGGAAGAAUCGUUACAACAAUUGUUGGACAAAAUUAAACCCCUCUCUUUUUGGUGGUCGAAAGCAAAAAAAAACACUACAUUUGUUUUUGAUAAUUAUAAUUGGUGGCUUAAUCCUUUACUUUGCUUGAUUUUGACGCGUAACUUUUCUUUUUUAGCUAUGUUUUAUCUAUUUUGACAGUGUAACUGAUUAUUAAAUUAUGUGUUCGGUUCUGAAACUUUUUAUGUUGGGUAGAAUGAUUUGUUCGUAGUAAUAUAUUCAAUUUUGCUUGUUCAAAAAGAAAAGAUCUAUUUAUUAAUAUAAACAAUACUCAUACGUGAUAUAUAAUAACAAAAGAUAUAUUUUUGGAAAGGUAUAGAGCUCUUACUUUAGCAACCUUUCUUCGAGUCCGCUAUGCUCUAGAGGUUAUCUUUAGUCAAUAAAAAAAUCUUUUUUCAAUUUUUUUUUGAAUAAUUAAUGUAUUUAAAUGAGAUAAUAAAUUAUUCAUUUGUUUAUAAAAAUGACCGAAUAUAAGUUAAGAAGCACCCCUAAAAAAAUAAAAAGAAGUGCUUUGAACUGAUUCAUAGGAGGCCAUCAAAUAGAAAUUUGUGAUAACUUUAGAAACGACAAACAACAAGAGUAUGGGGGAAGCUCACAUAUGAGCCAAAAAACUUAUCAACGUCAAAGAUCUUAAAGAAAACACCAAUGUCCCUCUCAUCACUCGAUAACUUCAAGAAUACUUGUCGGACUUUUCUUAAAUAAUUACUACUAAAAUAUAAGCAAAAUUCAUUUUUUAAAUAUAUUUAUUUAAUAAUGUAUAUGGUUCAUAAUAUGAACCACAUACAUCAUUAAAUAAAUGAAAAUUAUCUUUCAUUGAAUUCUUCCAUCGACAUAUUAACAUAUUUCCUCCAUUUUUAAUUAUAGAUAUUUUAAGAAAACAACUUAUUUUGAUUAAACUCUUUUAUUUAUCUGUUAAUUUCAAAUUUUAAGUUUAAUUAAGGUCUCUCUUAAAAAUAAAAAUUCAGUUCUUUUUUAUUGAUAUAUUUUUUAAAUUAUCCUCGAAUUCAUCAAUUAUUUUAUAUUUACCUUGACGAAAAUAGAGUUAACUCACUAUUAAAAAGUGAAGAUAUAUUUAAAUUUAAAUCUCAAUCAGAAUUAUUUUUGAAGUUUUCUGUUUUGAAAGAUUUUUUUGUUAAGUUGUAUACUAUAUAUUUUCUAUACCAAUGUAUAAAAUACCUCUUUUUUUUAUAAAAAAAAAAUACCGUAUAGUUUUUUAUGAUAUAAAAAAUUGUAUAAAUAAUAAUUUUUUGUCAAAAUGACAAACACCACUAAAACUCUUACUAGAAAAAGAAGAAAACACCAAUAAUACUCACACACGCAAUUUCAUAAUCUCUGAUUCAAACACGAAUAAAAAUGUUCAAGUUAAUAAUAUCAGAAUAAACAACCGAAAUAAGUAUACAACUGUAUCUGUAAAAAAAUACUCCAUCUAUCACAAUGAGUGGUGAAAAAUAUUAUCGAAAAAUGAGUGACCCUUUUGAUUUUUAAAGACAAUAUUAAUUAUGUAUUUUUCAAUUUAAAUACUUACACCAAUACAUGAUAAACGAUAGACAUGACAAUAGGGCGGGGUGGGAACGGGUUUUACAUUCCCCGUUCCCAUAUCCGAUUCUCAUAUACUUACCUGUUAUCUUACCUAUAUCCAAUAGGGAUGAAAAAUUGAACCCCAUCCUCGUCUCCGAUGGGUUCGGGUACAUCCCCAUCUCUGCAUUUAAUUAUUUUUUAAUAAAAAAUCGAAGUUUUUUUGUAACCUUAGAGAAAUGUUGUAAUGCAUUAUCCAACAAUAUGCUCACUUUAACAUUUGUUAGACUGAUCGAUUUAGUUGCUCCUUUAAAUAUAAAUGGUGGUUUUUAUAACACGGCAAUUAUCAAACAAAAUAACAUAGCAUAUCAACAUAAAAUAAUUUUAUGCAUUCGGGACGGGUUUGAAUAUGGGUUCGGGAUGGGUACCAAUAUACCCGUUGUUGAAACAAAAUGUGUUUAGCAAUAAUAAUCCUUAAGAGUUUUGAUGAUAACAAAGUAUUAAAAAUUGUCAAUUGGAUAUGCUAGUAUUUGUUCAAGUGUCAAUUGGAUAAGCAAAAAUUUGACAUCUUAAAAUGGUAUUGGAAGAACAAAUAAAGAGCAAAUACAUCAACAAAAAGGGAAGCUUAAAGCGUCUGAAGAAAACUGCUCCUGAAGUUUGAAGUGCUCCUGAAGUGAUGACGUCAUUAGAAGCAAGUUCAUCAGAAGCUGUGAAUCACCAGAAGCUGCAGUUCAUCAGGAGAUGCAACUUAAAGCUUCAAAAGUUGUUUCAAGUAUAACAACGACUAUUUUGAAAGGAUUGAAGGGCAUUUGAUGCUUAUUCUUCAAAGAGCGUUGACAUAGUACGUUUGUACGAAAUGUACAACCACUAUCUCCACUACUCUGUUUUUGUCUCUGCUACAAGACAAGAAAAACAGCUCUGCCUGCAACAAUGUUCCUUCACAUUGGGAACACAUUUGAAAUUGAUCCUUCAUAGGACAAUAACCAUAUCAGGCAAAUGAUCAUUAGUGAUUUAUCAAAAGCUUCAAACGACUCUAUUUUAAAUGUGCUGGCAAUUCAACGUCUCUUUACACCGCUAUAUAAAGGAGUGAAGACUUAGAGUUUCACAAGAACAAUACGAAGCAUUAGCUAAGCCAAAACUCUGUUGAAAUUGUUCUACACUUCAAAGUUCACUUAGAAUUUCUCAUCAAAGCUCAUAUCUUAGAAAUUCUAGAGUCUUUAGAGUCUGUAUCUGAUUUGUAUUGUGAAUACCACUGAUUGUAUAUCAAGUGUUCAACUUCAAACAAUUUUCUUUGUAAUUCUGUUUGAAUUAAGAAGUCUCUUGCAGUUGUGCUUGAGCAAUAGAAGUCUCUUGAUUGUGUUCAGGAGCAUAGGAAGUCUCUUGCAGUUGUGCUUGAGCAUUUGAAGUCUCUUACUAAGUUUAGUAGUGAGCAUUUGUAAUCAGAUAUUACAUAGUGAACUCUCCUUGGAAAUGCAAGGGGGACAAGACUGACUUCCGGUUUGUGGAAGGAACCUGUAUAAAUUGCUUGUGUCUUUCUUCCCUCUCUCUCUCUCUCUCUCUCUCUCUCUCUCUCUCUCUCUCUCUCUCUCUGUUUUUAUCCGCUGCAAUUAGUUCUAAACAUCUCUUCAGAAGCAGAACUCUAUCUGCUUCUGAUCUGUAUUUUCAGUUAGGAGAAAAAGAAGAAAAAGCCAACAGAAUUUAACCCCCCCUUCUUGUGUUUUUCUCACCUUCACCCGUUAACCGUCCCAUACUCGUGUUUUGAAAUCGGGGAAGUCCAAACCCAGAAUUGCCUAAUAAACGAUAAUUUAAUAAAAAAGAAAGAGAAAUGCAAACUUGUGCCCUUAAGGCACAAGUUAAAAGCUAAAUAUAAAAUUAUUUUUUUAGAAAAUUGUGUAUUCAACACUACAAAAGUUUAAACAUUUAUAAUUUAAAUAUAAAAUUUAUUGCUUAUUUCUUUUUAUAGCUCCUUAACUUGUGCCCCAAGGGUACAAGUUAGCAUGAUCCAAAAAGAAAUGAUAACAAAUACUAUCUCCGUCCUUAAAUAUAAAUAUAAUACGAUUUUGGAAUUUUUUUUGUCUCUUUUUAUAAGACUCCUUUGAUAUUUGUAAGUACAUUAAUUAAUUCUUUACCAACAAACCUCUAUUUAUUUUAUAUAUCUUUUUCUUCGAUCAACAUUAAAUACUAUGUUGAAAACAUACACUAAUCCUAUCUUUUAAAAUAUAAAAUUGUAAAACAAUAGCAAUUACAAAUAAAUUUAUUAACACUUUCAAUUUUCUUAAUUCCUGUUAUUUUUCUUAUAUAUUCCUAUAAGAAAGAGAUAGUAUCCUUAUACAUUGUUUAAAGAGAUAAAAGAAGUAACUUUUGUAUAAAAAUUUGUGUAUUUAUCUAUACAAAUGAUUAAUUGAAUUGGUUAUUGUGAGAUGGCGGAGGUAAAUGAUUUAUGGAGUUAGGACAUAUACCAUAAAGUUGGAGAACUAACCGCUCACUUGAUCAGUGUGCGGAGGCAAACAAAUGAGGUAAACAUAUUAAUUAGCUAAGACGACCAUAUUAUCAGCUAAUUUUUAGUUAUUGAUUAGCAUAUCAGAUUAUAUUAAACACAUACUAAUGAAAUGCUAUAAAUUUAUUCCUCUAAAAAAAACAACAGUUCACUUGAUCAGGAUGACAGUCCAAUAAAAGAGGUUCUGAUAGGGGUAGAGUACAACUGUGAGCUUGUGAUAAAUGACAAAAGGUGACGGGUAGCAUUUGGGUGAUAUAGAGUUGGGUGACAUUGGUGAUAUUGACCAAUCACAAUGUCACAAUGUUUAUGAAAAAGAGAGAAACACAAGCAUUGUGGCAUUAUGAUUGACCAAUAUCACCAAUGUCAUCCAACUCUAUGUCAUCCAAAUAUUUUCCUGUGACACCACAGAAACUUCUCCAAAACAUGAAAUCCAAAACGUGAAAGACGUGAGUUUCCCGGAAUAUCAAUGUUGGAUCGCUUUUCCUAGAUUACGAUUGACACGUGUGUAUCCACUAUUCGGAGAGCCUUUAGAUAUUGUGCGCAGCCCCGGGCCCACAUGCCUUUGUUUUCCACUACUUUUUUUCUAUCUCAUUUCCAUAUGUUUUCGUCAUUCCAUCUCAUUUUAAUAAUCGUUUUAAAGUUACAUCUGUCUUAAAAAUAUUAAUAAAAUUGAUUUUAAUUGUAAAAUUAGUAUGAUUUACUAAAAUGUUUGUAUUAAUUAUAGUUAAUGGAGUAAAAUUCAAUAAAUAAAUGUAUACUAAUGAAAAUAAAAAUAAAUGUUGCAUGAAUAUUCUAAAGUUACAAUUAUUUUAAGAUAUAAAAACUUUUUAAAGUGACAAUUAAAAUGAGAUAGAGGGAGUAUUGGGGUAAUAGUCUUUUUGUCCUUGAAUAUGUAAUGGGUAGCUAGUGUCACAAUAGUUCUUCAAUGUAUCAAAAUUUUAAAACAGUCUCUGAUUGUGCACUUCGUUCCUCAAUAUAUCACAAUAAAUACUUAUUUAUUGUCAUUUAAGUCUUUACAUAAAAAGAGUUAUCGUAAGUAUUGAGAUGUUAUUUUAGUGUCAGUGACUAAUUUGACUAACAAAGAACACAAUCAAAGACUAUUUUAAAAUUGCAAUGCAUUAAGGGAUUAUUGUGACUACUACUUACACAUUCAGAUAUCAAAAUAACUAUUACAUCGAGAAAUAUUUGCAUGCUGCAUGUCACAUGACUUACAUAAUAGACACACAUCAAUGUACAAUUUAAAUAUUUAAUAUUUUUUUGUUAUUUAUUAGAAAAAAUUAUAUAAAUUUGAUAUAUAUUUUUAAAAAAAAAAAGUCAAAUUAGCUCAUUGAAAUUAGAAUCAAAGGGAAUCGAACCUCAUGCAUUGAUAAGAGUACAUUUCAAGGUUCUAAGUCAAAACCAUCAAGCCAAUCCAAAAUGAGUUAAUAUUUAGAAAAUAUUUAUCGAGACAAAUUCAACAAUAUCUUAUAUGCUACCAUUUAUUUUUAUAUACUAUGUUUUUUUUUUAGAAAAUAUGGUUAAAGUAUUAGAUAUUAAUAUUACACAUUAUUAAUAAGGUCAUUGAGUUUCAUCAUCUUUGCUAUAUAGUUUUUUUUUUUGACGGUCCCUAUUUGUCUUGUGCCUGAACUUGAUCAUUAAUAAAUUUUACAGUUAAAAAUAUAUAUUUUAUAUGAUGUGGAGGGAAUAGUAAACAUCAUCUAAAACUUAAUAUUACAAAAUUUUGGAUUUAAAUCCGAUUUGACAUUGUCAAUUGUGCCAGGUCUUACAAAUUUGGUUGUUCAUUCUUGUUUUUUGGUUUUAUUUAUCUACUAAUAUUACAUCAAUUUUAAGAUUUAGUUAAAAACAAAAAUUUGUUAGACUUUAUUAUUCUCAUGUUUCACUUUCACAAGUUUCUGUCACGUAUAAAGAAACAUCCAACCGGGAAGUUAUAAACUUCAUACAAAAGAAGUACUACUAUAAUAUUUUAUUUUGAAAGAAGGACUACUAUAAUAUAUACAGCUCUAUUUGAAUUAGAAAAUGUUACUUAGGCCGAAAAAAUUCGCACAAAAUCUUCACGAUAGAUAUGAAUAAUGAAUAGCUAUUUAGCGGACAUUUUUGGUAUUUACUAGUGUGGAAAAAUGGGUCGUGCCUGAUUGGUCCGUUUAAUCCGACAUUUUAAAUGAAGGAUUUGAACUCGAUUAUUUAAGUUGAUCUACUCUAUUUCAUUUUUGUCGAAUUAAAAACGGGGCGGCCAAAACGGCCCGUGCCAUCCCCACUUUGCGAUCCUAGUAAUUACUUUUUCUCAUGUUUUAUGCUAGAUAGAAGAUACAACACUCUUGCUAAAAAAAAAUCCAACUCUCAUAAAUAAUUCAUGAUAAUAAUAUUCGUUGUGUCCCCGUGAGCAUAGCUCAGUUGACAAGGACAUGCAUUAUUAUACGUUGAGGUUGGGGUUCGAAUUUCGGACACCUCACUUAUUCACUUUAAAAAUGGUAAAUUCUAGCCACUUGAUAAAAAAAAAUAAAAAAUAUUCGCCGUAAAUUGCUUAUCUCUAAUCUCUUAUCUUUAUUCUUUACCUUAUCAAAUUAUGCCAAAAUUGACUUAGCUUUUGGAGUACCAUUUGCAUAAAUCUCAUCCUGUUUCAAUUGAGCCCCUUAUAGUAAACAGUGUGCUUAAUAUCUAGAUUAGUUGGUUCCUUCUAAAAGAAAAUCUAGAUUAGUUGGUCUUUGGUCCGUUACCAAGUUUAAUAAAGAAACGAAAGUUAAAUAAAAAAUUUAUCUUAAUUCUUUUUAAAAAAAGUUGUUUUAACUUUUACCUGUAUGACUUUUACCUUUGAUUCCAAAAUUUGUUUGUAUUAAUAGAUUAUUAUUAAUUAAAUAUUCCAAGUGGUAUAUGUGCGCCCAUAAAGAUUAUCAAAGUUUCUUUUAAAAAUUUGACUGUUUUUUUUAUUUUUUUGAAAGAAUUUUUUUGACUGUUAUAAAGCUAUAUAUACAGAAGUUUCUGUUUAAUAUAAGGAAUUAAUUGAUAUAAAAAUAUUUUCAACAAAAUGACAUUUUGACUUCUGAAAUAAAAAAAUACUAUUAUUUUUUCCAAUGACUUUCUCUUUGUUGAACAAUGACGUAUUAUAUUAUUCUUUAAUAGAAAAAAAAUGGACUUGGUAAAUUUUAUAUUUGUAUAUGGAAAAAAUUGAAUAAAUGGAAUUGGUAAGAGGAGAAAGUGGUGUCUAGUGAGUUCCACUUUUUUGACCAAAACCAAAAUGUAUUAGAAAAGUCUUCCACUCUUUCUAUUAACCUUUGCAACUUUCAUUUCUUCAUCACAAAAGCAACCAAAAAACCAGUCUUAGUUUCUUUGCUUCGUGUCUUGUCUCUUUGUUUUUUAAGGUACGCUUCUUUUCUUAUAUUUCUUGCAUGUUGUUUGUUUUCACUUCAUAAUGACGAGUUUAAAAUGGUUCCACUUCCUUUAUUAGUCUCUUUGAAUAUGUAAUAUGAUGUUUUUGGUUUGAUAGUUAAUUGAUGAAAGAAAAAACAUUGACCAUGUUAAUAAUUUUUAUUUUUAUUUUUCGUUUUGUUUUACCAUGGAAACAACAUAGGACAGGUUGUUUUCUGUUUUCUGUUUAGAUUUUGUUUGUAACGAUUUCUUGUUUCAUAUCUUACCUGUAUUCAUGAAAAUAUUUAUAAUGAUUGGUGUAUAACUAUAAAUGACAGAAAUUUUUGUUCAUCAAAAAAUAAAUAACUGAAAGAAUUAACAUUUUUCAAUUAAAGCAUAUGAUUGUUGUAAAUUUCAGGCUGUUCAUGAUUAUGUAAGUUUAAAGGUUUUUUGUUUUGCCAACAAUUACAUGCAUAGACAAAAUGGGAAAAUUUAGCCCUUUAAGUUGAUUUUAUCUGUUUUAACUUUGUUAUGUUAAACUGAGUUUUGUGGUUUAAAUUUGGAAAAAAAAUCAUGGUUGGUUCAUCAGCAUCUUCUUGAAUCUUUUUCUCUUGUGUGGUUUUUUCAGAAAUCUUCAUGUGCGGUGAUUCUAAGAAAAAAACUUGUCAAAAGGAUUUGAUUAUGGGUUGUGAGUUUGUGAAUGGGAAUAAAGAAGGGCAGUAUCAUGAGGUUUCUUAUUUGCUUGAAUUUUCAGCUGCAGAUGAUGUGAUUGGUUUCAAAAAUGCGAUUGAAAACGAGGGUUGUGAUGUUGAUGGGGUUGGUUUGUGGUAUGGAAGGAACGUUGGUUCAAACAAAUUUGGUUAUGAAGAGAGGACACCUCUCAUGGUUGCUGCUAUGUAUGGAAGUUUGGAUGUAUCGGCUUAUAUUCUUGGAACAGGUCGGGUUGAUGUUAAUCGGUCUAGUGGAUCCGAUGGUGCUACUGCUCUUCAUUGUGCGGUUGUUGGGGGUUCUGCUGCUUCCCCCAAGAUUAUCAAGAUUUUGCUUGAUGCAUCGGCGGAUGCUAGUGCUGUUGAUGCCAACGGUAGCCGACCCGUUGAUUUGAUUGUUUCUCUGGCCAAUUCUAUCUUCAAUCAAAGGAAGAGGAUGCUACAAGCUCUUUUGGAGGGGACAGGCGGUGCUGAUCAGACACAUCUUUUGUUUCCAGAGACAAUUGAUGACAUUGACGAAUAUCAAAGGCAAGAUGUAAACACACCUCGUGUUUCAAAAGAUUAUGCUGUUGAUGUCUCUCUUCCAGACAUUAAGAAUGGGAUAUAUAGUACCGAUGAGUUUAGGAUGUAUACAUUCAAAGUGAAGCCUUGUUCAAGGGCUUAUUCUCAUGAUUGGACCGAGUGUCCUUUUGUUCAUCCAGGGGAAAAUGCAAGGCGACGCGAUCCAAGGAAAUAUCAUUAUAGCUGCGUCCCUUGUCCUGAGUUUCGGAAAGGAUCUUGCAGUAAAGGAGAUUCUUGUGACUAUGCACACGGUAUUUUUGAGUGCUGGCUUCAUCCUGCGCAGUAUAAGACACGGCUUUGCAAGGAUGAGAGUUUGUGCAUGAGAAGAGUUUGCUUCUUUGCUCACAAGGUCGAGGAGCUUCGCCCCUUGUAUGCUUCUACCGGUUCUGCUAUUCCAUCUCCUAGGUCAUAUUACAGUACUGCUUCUACAUUAGAGAUGGGUUCAAUUAGCCCAAUGUCACUUGGUUCUCCAUCUGUUUUGAUACCACCCUCCUCAACGCCGCCUUUGACUUCAUCUGGAGCGUCGUCUCCCGUUGCUGCUACAGCCAUGUGGCAGACACCGUCUAAUGUUUCGAUCCCUACCCUUCAGCUUCCCAAAAGCAGGUUGAAGACUGGAAUGACCGCUAGAGAUAUUAAUUCAGAUAUUGCAAUGCUUAGGGUUGAAACUCAGCGGCGAAAGCAGCAACUACUGAUGGAUGAGAUGUCCGGUCUUUCCUCUCCUUCCAACUGGAAUCAUUCCAUGCCUAACAGUCCAUCUUUUCCGGUUUCUUCGACCAACCAUACCACCGGGGAACUAAAUAGGUUUUCGGGGGUGAAUCCUACAAACCUUGAAGACUUUUUCGGGUCUCUUGAUCCGUCAAUGUUGCAUAAAUUCCACGGAAUUUCACUUGAUUCUGCAGGAUCUCAGUUACAAUCUCCGACUGGAAUCCAAAUGCGUCCGAAUAUGAACCAGCAUCUGCAACAAAACUAUUCUUCAGGCCAUUCCACUUCCAGUGUGAUUGGAUCUCCGACUUAUAGGUUUCAGCCAUCCGGGGAGUUAUCCGCAUCGGCUUUGAAUGCAAGAGCUGCUGCAUUUUCAAAGCGGAGCCAGAGCUUUAUCGAGCGCGGUGUCACAAACCGUCAUUCUGAGCUUCAUUCUCCUGCUAAGCCUUAUGCUUUUUCUAACUGGGGCUCACCCGAUGGAAAUUUAGAUUGGACUUCACACGGAGAAGAACUGAAUAAGCUGAGGAAAUCAUCUUCAUUUGCAUUUCGAACCACCAGUACUCCUUUAACUCCAGCUGCAGCUAGGGCACAGGAAAAUGACUAUGAACCAGAUGUGUCUUGGGUUAAUACACUUGUAAAGGAUGCUACGCCGCAAGAAUCUCAUCAGUUUAGUGUUGAAGAUCAGAAAAGGAAACUGCAGCGCCAUCUUAACAAUGGAACAGAUUCGAUUCCGGCUUGGUUGGAGCAAUUGUACAUGGAUCAGGAGCAAAUAGUGCAGUGAAUGCAAUUUUAGAAGUUACUCACAAUGUUUUGCUCCUUUUUCGCAACUCUCUCAACUCGGCUCUUAAUUCAUUUUAUGAUUUUUUUGAAUCUUAUAGAAUUUGUUUAGAUGACAAUUUGUAAAACUGAUGGAAAAAAUAGUCCCCAAAAGCUAUAGAAUAUACUAUAGAAGUUGGGUAGGAUGCAAAUUUACUGCUCAAGGAACUACAUAUUACCAGAGUAAUUGAUCACAAUUUUUUCUGAUAUUUUGUCAUAUAGUCUAUUGAGUUGUGAGUUUUAACUUUCCAUUGACAAAUUUACAAAGAUGUAGUGAGAUUAAUGAUCAAUAUGAUGAGGCUAAAGAGGUAACAAUUUUCAGAAUGUCAAUUCUCAAUUUACAUAUCACACAAUUUAAUUUAUUUUUUGUCUUAACCAUUUGAUAUAUAAAGAAAAGAAAUCUUAAUAAUCUGGAGUUUGAUUGUGAGAAAAGAUUCUAAUAAUCUGGAGUUUGAUCGAGAGAAGUCUGAUUAAAAAUUGUUUUAGUUGGAUUUAAACUCGAAUACUCUCAAUUGAUUCGAUUUUCAUUGAAGUUUAUUAAGCACACAUCUUAAUUGGUUUUUUCUAAAUGUUUUGAAGUGCUAAACAAGUUAUGAAGUCAACUUUGGCGUGUUUGAUUUUUCCUAUUUACCAUUCACAGUGAUGUUUAAGUGGGUCCAGUCUAGUUGCAACUUAGGUGAGCUAUUGAGGGUCUACUUAAAUAUUGCUGUACUAUUUGUGACACUUGUAGCAGCCAAAUUAGACUGAUUUUUGUUGGAUUCUACUAUGUUUAGAUUUGUAUUGACAAACUAGCUUUAAAGUUAUUAUUUUUUCUCAGAGAUUUUAUUUAAGAUUCUAAAAUUUAAAAUAGUUCAACGUGUUUUUAGAGGUUUUAUGCGAUGUUUUUAGAGAUUUUUAUAGAAUGUUUAUGUCAUUUAAAUUCUAUAAUCCAAACUAUAUAGGACUCGCGAUAAAUUUAUAAGAUUGAAAAAGAAGCAAUCCUAACUUGAACGUGAUUUUAUUGAGUUACAUGAGAUAUACACAUGCAAGGCACUAUAAAUGUGUGACAUGUAGUAUAACUUUCUAAUAUUCCUAAACAUGUAAAAUGUUACUUUUUUUUUUGAAAGAAUGUAAAAUGUUACUAUUGGUUAAUGUUUUGUUGAAGCAUAUAAACAAAUAAAAUCCUUUAAAAUUUGUUUAAAAAUAGACUAAUUUUGUAGACAGCAAAGAUUUUAUUUGCAUUUCUUACUCUUUUUAUUCUUGAGCUUUGUAGAAUCAGCAUAGUUUCAUUUUCUGUUAGUAUAUUAUCUUGUAUUUUUUAAAGUUUACAUUCAUUUGAGCACUAAGAAAAAGCUUUUUACAAAGUUUUUGUCGUAUUCUAAUUGGCUUUUAUCGCACUUUGGCUUUUUUCAUCAACCUUUUUCUUGGGAUGACAUAAUGAAACUUAUAGUUCAGGUCUCUUGACAUAAUUUUGGUCCACACGUUAAUAUUUGUUUAAUAUUUAGGAGCACUAAAAAGUUACAAGUCAAGUAAGUUACGCUUCUUCUAAAACUCUCAUGUUUGAUUUUUAUUUAAAAGUAACCAAAUAUUUCUACCAUUUAAGCCAAUAUCCAUGGCUUUGGCUGAUUCACUAGAAUAAAUUUGAGUAGCCUGAUAUGUUUACUUGAUUUUAAUGUUCUCCACCUUUGAAGUUUUUCCCCCUCAAUACGUUUAACAAUCUAAACUUUGUUUGGAUUUGGAUUAUGUCAUUACUUGCGAUUUUUUGUCAAAUGUAGCUUCAGUUUUUUCCACACAAGGGGCCCCUUGUGCAGAAAAUUAGAGGUAGCUUCAAUAUUUUACUAGUGGAUACAACAUUUGUCCCUCUGUAUGGAAAAAAAAAAAAUACCAUCUCCACUAUACAUGAAGUUGUCUACUUGUGAUGUGUGAAAUGCAUUGUAUAUUUAGAUGAACUUUGUAUAUUUGGUUCGUCUUGGAUCGGUUCGGUUAAUUAGUUGGUUUGAAAAUACAAUUAAAAAAAAAAUCAUAUUCUUUUAAGUUUGUAUUUCCUAUAUACAACUCACCCAAAUAUUUCAUGGAACUUUGUAUUUCAUUUUUUGUUUUUCAUUAUCUUUGAUUUUCAAACAACUUUAAAUUCAUGAAACACAACUUCAUCAAAAUCAAAUUUUUCAAUCCUCCAUAAUAAUUCAUACACAAAUUUAUUUAUAAUCAUUCAUGAAUCAAACACAAAUUCCAAAAGACAUCCAGAAAUUAAAAUAUACUCAAAACAAUACUCCAUGCAAACUAAAAUUUAAACAUCCUAAAAUUAAGUUUCUCGUCAAAUUUUUAAAAAAAGUCCACACUAAAAUUUCAAUUUCAAUUCACAUUCACAAUCCUAACUUUACUUAAGUGUGUGUAUGAGGUGUAAGGGAAAUGAUAUUAGUAAAUUGAGAGGGCGCGGUAAGAAUCGAUUCGGUUCAUUAGUUCUUUGGGUUUCAAAAUCAAAAUCCAAGAACUGAACCAUACUAAAAUAAUUUAGGUUGAUUUAGUUUAAUUUUAAACAGAACCAAACAAGGUCGAAUAUUUUUUUUGUUUGAUUCGGUUUGGAGUUUCGAUUUCGUUGAUUUGGUCUAAACCAUUUACAUCCCUAACUUUUAUUAGUACUUUGUUAUACAAAAAAUAAUGUUACGUAACAUUAUUAUUUUAAGAUCCAGAGCUAGUAACAACCUGUUGUCGUUUAGGACAAACUCCCAAGAAAAGUAAAAUGGAAAUUAUAUUUAGGGUUAAUAGUGUUUUUUACCCCUGUAAUAUAUGUUAUUUUUGGUUUUCGCCCCUAUAAAAUUUUCGGUUUGAUUUGCACCCUUGUAAAAAUUUUAUUUUCCGGAAAACACUCCUAAUAGGCCAUUUUCAGAAUUUUUUUUCCAAGAAAUUUUGGUUUUUGAAUGGCUUAUUAAGGAUGUUUUCCGAAAAAUAAAAAUUUUACGAGGGUGCAAAUCAAACCGAAAAUUUUAUAGGGACGAAAACCGAAAAUUACAUAUAUUACAGGGUGAAAAAAACUAUUAACCCUUAUAUUUAUAAUGAGAAAAUGAAUUACAUCAAAAGAUAGGAGGGGGUACAUUUGAUAAGGCUUACUAUAAGCCAUUGAUUUGGUUAUAGAUCAAUUAAUUUCACGAGUUCCUCGAGCAGAAUCAGUUCGGAACAAAUUAUUUGAUCUAUAACCAAAUAAAUGGCUUAUAGAAUAGUCCAUAAUUCAUAAUUAGAACCUAAGGAUCUUCUGAAAGCCAAAAUUUGCAUUUACCGUUAUAUUCGAAGCACGAUUCAUCAACACUAGAAUUGGUGAAAGAAUAUGGAAUUUAUUAACCAUAAAUCUGCGAAAACAUGAUAAGUUUUGAAGUCUAAAACAAUAAGCCGCAGCGCUGCAAUAGUCGCUGCAACAGACAUGAUGCCAUAGAACCAAAUGUUGAUCAAAUGCCAAAGCUUUCGAAUGGAUGUUAGUUUGUUCUUAUUCGAAGUCGUGUUAGCACGUCUAACCAAAACUCGAAAUGACAAGUUCUUAAAAGCCAGAGCAUUCCCUUUGAUCCCAUGUUUGGUAUCAAACUACUCAUACAUUGAACAAAUUCAAGUUAUCAAGUAUUUCGCGUCAAAUGUAGUAUUUUCGCCUCUUUCACGGUUUUGAAGUGAAACUAUCUACUGCUUGUCAGCUGAAACAAUUGGAGGUUUCUCAAAAUAUCAGAAGAAGACUAAAAUCACAAAAGAGUGGCAUUAUAUUCCAUGGUAAGCAGAUAAAAUGAAAGAAGAUGUUCAGAAUAGAGAUAGAAGGAAUGAUGAUGAAACUCAGAACACAAUUGCAAGAUCUGGACAACAAUUUCAGAUGUACCGACCGGGGAAACCAGAAACAUGUACAUUAUUCUCUUCACACAAAAGUACAUUAAUCAAAUGAGUGUCAAUGAAAGCUAUGACAAUAUAUGCAAGGCGUAAGACCGUCGAAAAUCCUAGCCAAAUUCCAAGAAACGAAAGAUGAGGAAUACAAAUGGUAAACAUUGCACACACAAGUCCAGCUAUAGAAAUAAAACGUGGAAGCUUCAUUUGAUCAUCAUCCCUAAAUAGAACAUAAAUAGCCUGCACAACAAGGAUAUUUACAAAAUCUUCCCCAAAAAUAUGUUACACUCAAUUUGAUUUCAUACAAAAUCUUCAUCUUACAUGAAAGAUAUAAUAUUACAUAAAAAACCGUCUAGAAGUCCUAGCUCAACUUGUAAAUGCCGAAAUUGCAAGGCCGGACAUCGUGACCCGGGUUCGCAUAGAUUGAGAUAGUUUGGGAUGGAUUGAUAUAUUUUGAGAUAGUUUGGCAUAGUUUGAGAUAGUUUAAGAUAGUUUGAAAUGGUUUGUAAAUUUUGGUCUUUAUAAAUAUAUAAACUUUUUAUUUUAGUUCCUCUAAAAUUUUCCUUUAACUUAUAGUUUGUAUAAAAUUUUCAAUUUUUACAUUUGGUCUCUAUUUUUAAUUAAUUUUUGUAUUUUUUUAUGAAAUUGAAUAUAAACGUAUAGAAUAUUGUAAAAGUCACUCCAAAAAAAAUCAUAAUUUUUUAUUAAAACAUAAAUUAAAUAUGAAUCUUUUACCAUAAAAAAUAUAAAAAUUCAUAUUUAAUACAUGUUUUGGUAAAAAAAAUCUAAUUUUUUUUUUGGAGAGAUCUUUAUAAUUUUAUAAAUUUUUCUGCAAAUUUUUAUUCAAAAAUAUAAAUUCUACAUAUGAGCUUACUUUAAAGAAGGGAUCAAAAUGAAGAUGAAAUUUUUUUGGAGGACUAAAAGUUGAAGAAAUUUUUUAAAGGUACUAAAGCGAAAAAAUUAACAUAUUUAUAGGGACUAAAAACAUAAUUAACCUUAUUUUAAUUGAGAAAUAUAAAAAAAUAUUUUUAACUGCCUUUCUUUAAUUGUGUCCCAUAGUUUGACUUGGUUUUAUAAGACAUGUUUUUUCUAGAUUACCCUCUCUUAUUUAGAGGGUAUUUUACGCUCUCAUGAUAUCAACCAAUCAAAAUGUAAUAUACAUUGGCAACAUUAAAUGUCAUAAAUGACUCAAUUUUUUUCUAAAAAAGAAUCAAUUAUAAUCAUAAGGUAACUUUUAAUUUUUUAUUUAAUUAUAGACAUGAUUACAUUAGAGAUCAUUUAUCUUAUUUAUUUGUUACACUUGGGUCCUUUAUCUUUAUUUUUUUUCACUUAGGUCAUUUAUCUCUUAUAAAAGCACAUAUACAUCAUUUUUCUCAUUUUUUUAAUUAUAAAAAAUACAUAAUUUUAUUUUUUAAAAUAUCUUUUUAUUAAAAAUAAAACAAAUCCAGAAAUAUGAUGAAGAUGUUCAUCAUCUUCAUCUUCUUCCUUUGAAUCUUCAUCAUCUUCGUUGAAUCAAAAGAAUUUCUACACAAAUAUAUCUCCAAAUAUCAUGAAUUAAUGUUAUAUUCACCUCAAAUUUUCUUUUAAACACAAAAAUCAAACCCCUAUAGAGAAAGAGAUUUAGUUUUAUCACAACAAAAAAAAAUAGUUAUAUAAAUUGUCAAAGCUGUAUAUUACUAUUUUUAUUAUUUUCUAACUCAAUAUUCAAGUCCGACAUAAAAAUAACCUCAAAAUUGAUAGCAACUUUGCAUAUCAAUUUUGUUGUUUCCAGAACAAUCUUAACUUUCGUAAAGCCUAACCCUUCCGUCAGUGACUAAGCCUCCAGCAUCCGCCUUGCAACAUUUGUGAAAUUAAGAUUUUGAUUUUUGUGUUUAAAAUAAAAUUUGAGGUGAAUAUAAUAUUUCGAGAUAUAUUUAAAAAAAAUUUUUUUUGGGAAAAUUACACUUUUAGUCCUUUAACUUAAUUUCAGGUAACAAUUUGGUCUUUUAUCUUUUUUUAUUUUAAUUUGAUCCUUUUUGUCCAUUUUCAUAUACAUUUUCAAGCUUCGAAUCUAAUAUUUUAUGCAAACAUAGACAAGGAUCAUAGAUUUGAAGACUCAAGGACCAUAAGAAAAUAAAAUCAUGAAUUUUAAGCUUAAAAAUUCAUAUGAAAAUAGACAAAAAUGACCAAAUUGAAAUGAAAAAAAACGAUAAAGGACCAAACUGUUACCCGAAAUUAAGUUAAGGGACUAAAAGUGUAAUUUUGCCAAUUUUUUAUUUAUUUAAAGAAGAUGAUUAAGAUUCAAAGGAAGAAGUGAAGAUGAUGAACAUCUUUAUCAUAUUUUUGGAUUAUUUUUUUUCAGUUUUAAUAAAAUAUAUUUCUAAAAAUAAAAUUAUGUAUUUUUUAAUUAAAAAAAUGUGUAAAAAGAUGUAUAUGUGCUUUUAAGAGAGAUAAAUGACCUAAACGGGAAAAAAUAAAGAUAUAUGACCAAAGUGUUACAAAUAAAUAAGAUAAAGGACCCAUAAUAUAAUAUUGUCUUAAUUAUAUUUAGUGUUCAAUCUUAAUUAAUUUACACUACAGGACUGGCUUAGAACAAUUAAAAUUUCACAUCAAAUUUCUUUCAUCUGAAUGUCCUUAAAUUUAUCAGUUAUAUUCAUAAAAUUUAUUCAUCCCAUUUUGAUUGUUCAAUUUUGUCGUUCCCAACUGCCGCAUUUUUCAAUUUUCGUGAGAAUCGUCAUGAUUUCAAAUAUCGUGAGAAUUGCCUUUACUUCCAGUACAACGUCAAGUAUGAUGACUUGAUUUUUCUUUUUGAUUUGAUUUUUCUUGGUUGUGAGGUAGUUAAUUAUAACAAUUGAGUAAAUCAUCCGUUGUACUUUGAGGGCUGCUAGCAGGUGUUGCCGCUGUGAUGCUGUGGGAGUUUGCUAGCAUUUUUAUGGUUGCUGCUGAAAUGGUUAUGUGAUGAGAUUUUUGUUCUUUUAUUUGGAUUUAAAAGCUUUUGCUGAUAGUGAGACAGGUCUAUGCGUGUUAACAUAUUUUAUUAGGUUGACUGCUUAAAUAAAAUAAAAAAGUCACGAUACCUGACGCAGUUCUAGAAACAACGACAAUUCUCACGAUAAUUGGAAAUUGCGGCAAUUUGGAACGACAAAAUUGAACAAUUAAAAUGUGAAGAAGAAUGAAAAAGAAACAAAAAUUGAUCAAUAUGGAAGAAUAAAGAAGAAGAAAUUUGAAAGAAUGAGAUGUUUUUGUUCUCACGUUCGGGGUUCUGGAAUGGAAGAAAUUUUAUGAAUAUAAAUGAUGAAUUUAAGGACAUCCAGAUGAAAGAAAUUUGAUGUAAAAUUUUAUUUGUUAUAAGUUUUAUAGUGUAAAUUAAUUAAGAUUGAACACCUUAAUAUAAAAAAAAAAUUAAUAAAAAUUAAAAGUAUUAAAAGUUACCUUUUGAUUAAGAUUAACUCGCCUUCAAAAAUAAAAUAAUUAAGACUAACUCAUUUAUUUUUAGAAAGAAUCUACUCAUUUUUUUUUUAAUUCCAAUCUUUUGAUAUUUCUUGAAUGUUGCUAUUAUUAAGGAUUCAUUAUUGCUUGACUCAACAAUAACGUGACACGAGAAGUUUAGGGACAACAAUAGAUACAAACGAUGUUUUUUCAAUUAGAGAGAAGAACAUAAGAAAAGAAGAUAUUAAAAGGAGAAGAACAGAAGAAACAUAGCAUUAGAGAGAAGAGAAAUAAAGUAGAACUCAUCGAUGGUGUUGAUGGAUGCAAUUGGUGAUGUUGGUGUUGAGAUUGAGGCGACGGUGGUAAUGAUUCGAAGAGGGAAUAAUUAUCAAUCGGUGGUGACGAGAAACCCUAUUUUUUAGGUUAGAAGAGGCAAUAUGUUUUUGAUUUUAUUUUAGGGAAGCAAUAUGUUUUUUAUAGUGUUGUCGGUCUUUAUGUAUUUUUAUUUCUUAUUCUUUUAUUACUUUUUUUAAAAUGGAAAUAUGUAAGACAGAAAUCACAUAUUAAAAAAAAGGGAAAAUCAUGCAUACGUAUCGCGAUAAAGUAUCGGUUUAUUCAGCCAUAUUGAAGUAUAAGUUAGCCGUAUCCGACACGUAUUGUUUUUUUUAUUUUGCAAAAAAAAUAAAUAUUAAUGGCCCGAUACUUCUCUAAUACAUAUGUCUGAACGUAUCGAGAUGUAUCAAUGUCGGAUACGCGUCGGACACAAUUCUUCACUAUUUUAAGAGUAUCGAGGCUUCACAAAUCUAUGUUUGAAAUGAGGAUUUUAGUGAUUAAUAUUGUUGUUGGGCAUCAUACUCUUGGUUUUACAAAUACUCUCUUGUGAUUUGGUAACUAUAAUUUGAGGCGUACAUAAUUUUGUAACAUUUUGUUGUUUUUGAUUUUUGAAGAAACAUUUUGUUGUUUAUGAUAUUUUGAUGCAGAGAUGCAUGAUUUUGAUGAAUGAAAAUGAGCUUCAACAGAAUUCAGUUUCGUCCUUUAACUUCUUAUGCUCAAUUCAUUUCAGUCCCUUAUUUUAAAAUUAAAAAGUCAAUUUGGUCCCUUACUUUGUGUCAAAAGUUAUAUUUUUUUGGUCCCUUACAUUUUCUAUAAAGUAAAAUUUGGUCCCCAAUCCGAAAUAGAUGAUUAUGACAGUAUAACUGGAUCAAAACUAACUCAAACCAUAACAUAAUAUAACCUGGUCAAAAUAGUAUAUCAUUAAUAAUAGGUUAAAAAGUGAUUCACAACGAAGACAUAAUAAAAUUCAAAAUAUAUAUCUUAUAAGUCCUAACUCAAUCCAUAAAAAUAUUGAAACUGUUAAGCCGUACAUUAUAACCGGAGUUCGAACCCGGAGUUUAUGAUAACUUUGCCAUCCCUUCCAUCUCUAUAUAGAACAUUGAUAAUGUAACCAAAAAAUAUAGAACAUGACCCUUGUUCUAAAUUCCUUUUUUUCUAUGGCCUUCCCAGCAUCUUCUUAAUGGGAGGUUGCUGCAGAUCUGUAUAUUGUGUCCGCACCCACAAAUUUGAGCCAUUACAUGGACACACUGAAGGUAGGUAAACUGCUUCAUAACAUGCCUUCUUGUAGCAUGCCGGUAUCAAAAGACUUAACCAAAUUAUUGAGUUACAAUAAUCGUGUAUAUAAGUUUGUGGUUAGUGUGGUUCUGCCAAUGGGUGUUUAAUUUUAUAAAAGUCAUAUAUCCAUGUAAGUAUAAGAAAAGUGAUUAUUUAUAGGGAUAACAUAUUAAGAGAGUGUGUAAUUACAUUUAGUCAAAAUCAAUAAAUGUUCCACAAUAUUUGAUAUUCAAUUAAUCCAAAAUUUAGCAAAAAUGUGACUAUGAAAAUUCAUAAGGAAAUACUCCCUCCGGUCCUUAUUAUAAGAAAAAAUUAACUUUUUAGAUACAAUGAAUCAAAAAAGUUAAUUGUUUCUUAUAAUAAGGACCGGAGGGAGUAAGAAACUCAAGAAUCUCCAAAUUAGAUUAACAUAUAUCAAUAAACGUUUCUAUGAAUGUUGGAUUCACCACAAUGAAACGUUUCCUAAGGUUAGAUAAGCUUCAACGCUCAACAAACAUUAACAGAGUAUUUACAAAUCACACAUCAAAGAGGUUCUCAUGUUGGUGACGGAUGAUUUUGCUAUGUGAAUCAACUUCUUAUCAACUGAAUCAAUCUUAUUGAAAUUAACUUAUGGUUUUAGAUAGAUUAAUAUUGCAGAUAACAAUGAUUUUAUUUGCAUUUACAGUUUUAAACGUGUUUGUUUUCUUAUCUUCUUUAUAUUCUUGGUCAUGAUCUUGUAGUCAGAAUAUAAGUAUAGUUUAUCCUUAAAAUAAAGUAUAGUUUAAUUUCCUGUUAGCAUUAUCUUGUAUUUUUUCAAAGUUUACAUUCAUUUAAGCACAAAGAAAAAGCUUUUUAUAAAGCUUUUGUCGUAUUCUAAUUGGCUUUUAUCGCACUUGGCUCUCAUAAACCCUCAAUGAGUUUAACAAUCAAAAACUUUGGAUUUGGAUUCUGUCAUUUUGCUAUUGUUUUUCUCCAAUGUAUUAUGUAGCUUGAGUUUUUUCCACAUAAGGUACCUCUUGAAAUUGAAGUUGUCUUAUGUGAAAUUCAUUGUGUAUUAAGAUGAACUUUGUUAUUUCAGCGUAGUGUCGAUACUUUCAACCAUCUUUAUAUUUUUUAGUGUACUAGUAUUUUCACCCAUGCAUUGCACGGGCGAAAAAGGAUUUAUUGUGACCGAACGUACAACCAAAAUAAAAACAUAUAAUGCAUUUCUUAGACAAAUCAAAUGUUCUUGUCAUCACAAAAAUUUGUCUUAUUGUAAUAAGCAAAUGUUGAUUCUCAAUACAUAAUGUAUAAAUGAGUAAAAAUAUAUCCAAUAUAUUGAAUACAAAUGUUAAAAUCAACAUAAUUUUAUACUAAUAUUAUAUUUAUCGGAAAUGUGUUAUCAUUUGUUAUUUGACAGGUUGAAUUCAAUUCUUAAAUAUUCGACAAAUAACUAUUUGGCAAGUUGAAUUCAAUUCUUAGAUAUUUGGUAAAUAUUGUGCUUGAGGUUAUCCUUCGUGUUUUUUGAAAGAUAAAUUAAGAAGCCAUCUUAUUGCAAUAAAUAUAAUAUUUAGACUUUUUUUUACAAUAAAAAAAACUUCACUUAAUAAAAACAAAACACUAAAAGAAAUAUAUCAAAAAAUAAAAUCUUACACAAUUAAAAUUUGGACUUGGUAAAAAGUCAUUGUCGAUAAUAGCUUCAACAUCUACUUCACAAAUAAGUAAGUAUUUGUUAUGCUUCACACAAAUCAUAAAUCCUUUGUAUCAUACUUUUAGUUACUAUAACUUUUAAGAAAUUUAAUAGGAUCGGUAUAUGAUUUACAAAUUUGAUAAAGAAUUAGAUACACAAUAGGCACAGUAAACCAAAUUGGGUAUAAAAAAGACUAAACCUUGAGCAAAUAAUAAUGUUUAAAGUCUUCUAUUAGUACUUUGUUAUACAAAAAUUAAUGUAUAAGCAACAUUAUUAGUACUUUGUAAUAAAGAUUGCUAAAAUUAAAAAAACAAUGAAAGGAAGAAUUAAAAUAUUUUAUUCUUUACUAAUUUACUUAGCUUGUUUUACAUUCUAAAUGUGCAAUACUCUCAUGAGAUUACAAACAAAAACUAACAAAUUGAUCUAUAACUUCAUCUAAUAAUUCAUCUAAAAUCUCUAACUCAAAAUCAGCACUUAUAUUUUCUAAAUCAUUUUGUUUCCUCUUGACUUCAUGCAAUUCACUUACCAAUUCAUCAUCAACUAGCUUGCAAAUUUUAAUCCAAAUAUCUACACAUUCAUUGUUAUGCCUCUCUUUUUUCCUUGAUCCUUCAUUCAAAUUGUUCUCAAUUUCCUUAACUUUACUCUCUUCUUCAUUCAUAAAGUUACUAUCAGAAUGUAGAAUAAAUAGCUGGUCAUUUUCAAGUACUGGUGACAAUUUUCUUCUCCAACUCAUAUCAACAUCACAAAGAUCUUCCUCUGCAACAUGUUUAUAUAUGUAAUUAGUUAGCAAAUUUAAAACAUGUAAAAAGGAAAAAAAAAAUUAAGCUACACUAUGUAUGUAAAUUCUAAGGAUAAUUGUGUGUAUGAUUUUGUUUGCAUUCAAAUUAAAAUGAGACAAACUAUUAGGUCAUGUUUGGAUAAAAAGUUUAAUUAAACAACUUAUAUCAUUAUCACUUAUCGUAUAAGCACUUAUGUAUUAAACUAUUUCCAAAAAAAAGAUAAAAUCAAUUUAUAUUAUUUUCAUUCAAGGUAUAAGACAUUUUCAUAAGUUAUCCUCUAUGAAGCACAUAUACGGACACGGACACGACACAGAUACCGACACGCCGACACAACUAAUAAUUUGAAAAAAAUCACAUAACUCAUUGUAAUUACAAGUGUCGGUGUCAUGUCCUGGUGUCGGACAUCAGGACACGAUAUGUGCUUCAUAGGUUAUCCUUAAAAGCUUCUAGAAAUAAUCUAAAACCAACUUAUUAUGAGCAUGUCAAUAGCUCUUUACUUGUCUCUAAACUCAAAUAAACAUAACCAAACAUGCAUUAAAAGUUAAGCUAAGAUGAAGAAACAAACCUGUUCCUGAAACAUCAUGCUCAAAAUCAAAGACAGAAACAGGACUAUAAUCUUCUGAACUACAUUCACUUUCAACCUUCUCUUCAACACAACAUGUUUUUCCUUUCUUUCUCUUCUUCACUUUCUCACCAUUUCCAACUGCCUUAAACAAACUCUUCUCAAAAUGAAAUUCACCAUCAUCAUUCACCUUUUCUCUCUUGUUUCUCUUCACUUCACCUCUCACUUCUCUUUUCUUCUCUUUUCUUCUUCCUUUGGACUUGAAUUUUCUAUUCUCACCUCCACUUUCAAAGCUAAACACCAAAAAGUUCUCAUUUUCAAGCAAAUGAAAAGCUUGUGGCACAUAGUUCAAUGACUUGCAAUGUGUAGGUGAACUUGGUUUUGAUUCAGAAACUUUAUCUUCUUCCAUUGAAUCAAUCCCAUUAACCUUGCAACUACACCAGAAGAAGAAGAAGAAGAAAUUAUAGUUCUUGUAGUAGUAGGAGUGUUAGUCUUAAAUUUUUGAACUUUUUCACUUACAAUGAACUUUGAAUGAAACUCUCUAAUCCUAUGAAAAAUGGUUGUGAAACACCCUGCAGCAACAGUUUUUGAGCUGCAAAAUGUUGAGUCAAAGCUAAAGUUUGAUGAAGAUGAUGGUGAUGAUGAUGAUGAAUAAGAUAAUGUUAAGAGCUUCAUGUUUAUAUGAUUUAGAAGAAGAAAAAAAAAGAAACCAAAAUGGUUCUUUUUCUUUAUACUUUUGGAUUUUGAAAUUCUCCAAUGAUAAAAAGCAAUGGAAGAAUCUAAAGUAUAUGAAUAUGAAUAUAAAGAUUUGAAUUUUGAUAUAAUGAAGAGAAGGGUCGCGGGAUUUUUAUUUGAAUAUGUGAGAAAAAGAAAGUGUAAAGAUUAGAAUGGAAUAUGGUGUACUAUGCUUUUGGUUAUUGAAAUGUGACAAGUCAUUUUUUUGUUAUGAAUUUGUCUUUUUAUUUCCUUGUUUGGACCAAACAAAAGACAUGUCUUGGGGCACGUUAAGAGGACACUUUUUUACUCUGCCUCCUUUGAAGUUCAAAUGGUGAAAAGAAUCAAUGAGAAUGUGAUGAGGUAUGAAGCACAUAUACUUCUUGGAUUAGGCGUGUCUCAGUGUCGAUAUAAUACCGACAUUUAUAAUUACAUUGAAUUACGUAAUUUUUUAAAAUUACUAGUUGUAUUGGCGUGUGAGUGUCCGGUGUCCACAUCUAUGUUUCAUAGGGGAUGAGUGUGUUUGUUUAGAUUUUUACUUUUUUUACUUUAUUGAUUUUGAUGAUAGAUUAGAAAGAAAGUGAGGAUUGGAUCAGAUUAUUGUAUGGUCUAAGCUAGGCAGUGAUUGUAUAGUUUGUUUUGUAGUUUUGUGUGGAGGGAGAGACAUUUGACAGAUUGUGUUUUGUUUUUGUAUAAUGUCAGUGGUAUGAUCAAAUUCUUUUGGGGUUUGAUGUUAAAGAUACUGUCAUUUUGAUUGUGUUUGUUCCAACAUAGUCCCUAUUAUUUUGUGGGAUUGAAGGUUAGUAAUUUGAUAUUGAAGUGGGACAUUUGAUAAGCACUUAUAAUUGAAUUGAAAUUGGUUGGUUAAAAUGAUGGAAAAGGAUAUCAACCAUUCCUUUUUAUAGGCUAAGGAAUAAUUUUAGGUUUAAUCUUCAAUUUAUGAGAUACAAGAAUUUUCAACUCAUCAUGAUGACAAUUAUUAAAUUUAAUACACUUUUAGUUCCUCCUAAUUUUAUGAUUCAUGAUUUUAACUCCUUGCUUUAAAAUUCCAAAAGUAUAGUGCUCCAUAUUUGAAAAUUUUAGAAUUUUUCUCCAACCUUAAAUUGAGGUUUUUUUAUAGGCAAAUGUUAGUUUAUUAAUAUAUUUUUUUAAGGGAGUUUAUUAAUAUAUUGUUAGAGGGGACAUAGUUAGUUUAUUAGUAUAUUGUUAGAGGGGAAAAGAAAUGUUAGCAGUCAGGAAUCGAACUCAGAAACUCAUUUUUAAACUCCUCCAUUGUAUAAACUUACUAACAACUAGACUACACCUGUAAUGCCCUAUUUAUUUAUUAGAUUAUUCUAUUGAGUUUAGAGUAUAUUUAUAUGAUUUAUGUGAUCAAAAUGAUUAUGUGGUGUGUUGUUAUUUUAUUAAGUGGUGUUAUUUAUUUAUUUGAUAGAAUAAGAUUUGAAAAUAAAAUAAGAUUAAGUUGUGGGGGUUGUUUUGAGAAUUUAGAGAGUUUAAUAGAAUAAGUGAGAAAUAGGAUUUAAUUGGAGUUUUUGGGUUAAAUAAGAAUUAAGUGAAUAAAGUGGGCGUUAAUUAAAUAUUGGAAGAUUAUAUUUACUGAGAAAAAGGAGAAAAUAUGGUUAGAAGCAGUUUCACGUACAAACAAUUUUUGGGAGAAAAACCAAGAGAAAGCUAGGAGAAGAAUCAAGAGAGAGUUGCGGAUCGAUUUUCUUAAGGUAAGGGUAAGACUAACUUUCAAUAAUUAUAGUGUAUGUAAAUUCUGAAAUUGAUUUAACAUGUGGGUUGUUCUUGAUUUUGGAAAUUGGGAAUUAGGUUUAGAAGUUGUAAUUGGUUGUUUUAAUUGUAGAAUUGAUUGUUGGAAUUAAGAUGUUAAUGAAGUUAGGGUUGUGAAAAGAAGUUAGAGUUUUGAAAAGAAGUUAGGGUUUUGAAUUGCAAUUUGAUUGUUGAAAGUGUAGGCAAUCCAAUGAAUUAACAUAUGAUAUGAUGUUCAGGUUGUAGAAUAAUCAUAGGUUAAGUUUCCAAACAAAUUUGGGAGUUUGUGUUUGAGUAUAAUGAAUUAAUAGUGAUUCUUAAGUGAAAAACGCAUUGUUAAACUGAUUUUUGAACUGCUGUGAAGCUCAAAAUCGGCCCCCGAGUUUUCAAAAUCGGCCACCGAUUUUUGAGCUGAUUUUCUAGCUUUGGUUCGACGAAAAUCGGCCCCCGAUUUGUCAAAUUCGGCCCCCGAUUUUCUGUCAGGCAAAUCUGAAAAUAUUCGUAAUUUUCACCAUUUUCUGUUUUGAAUUUGCUUUCGGUGUAAACAUAAAAGUUUUAGAUAAUUUUGUUAGCUUUCCAAUGGCUUUGGUUUGACUUGAAAAUGAUUUUUAUUUUUUGAGAUAUGAUGAAAAUACUCCAAGGAGGUUUUAGUGAACCUUAUGAAAAUUCAGCAUAACCGUUUCUAAGUUAACCCAAAAUUUAUGGGAUAAUUUCAACCCUCAAAACUAGAAGUACUAUGAGUUCAAUUAAGGUGUUUAAGAGUAUUUAACCCAUGUUGUGAGUUGAUCCUUGGGGUAGGAAUGGAGGUUGAAUAUAAUAUUACUGAUGAUCUGUGAAGCUAUUAUAAUAUGAUUUAAUGUUCGUAGUAAUGUAAUAUAUUUGUAUAUGCAUUAUGUGAAUUAUAUAAGAUGUUUAAGUUGUUGUUGAUUAUCAUUUGAUGUUGUUAUAUCUUGAGAUGUUUACGUUGUCAUCGUCGAAUCGUUGAAGUCGUUGUUAAUGACAAACCAUAAAAUAUUAAUGAUUAUGUUGUCGUUUAUAUUAUUAUAAGAUGAUGAAUAUGUUGUUGCUUAUGUCAUUAUAAGAUGAUGAUUAUGUUGUUGUUUAUAUUGGUUAUGAGUUAAUGAUGAUUAGAAGUGGAUUGGACUAUUAAUGAAGCAUUAUAUGAAGAAUUAUUAUUAUUAAUUAACAAUGUUUAUGUUGUUUAAUAUAAUUGUUGAAUUAUAUGCUUAAUAUUAUUGUUUGUGAAAUCUCACCCCUUCUGCUUGGAAAUGUUGCUCUUUGUAUGAGUAACUUGCAGAUGAUCGAGUUUAAGCUGCUGUUAGAUUGCUGUCGUGAGUGGACUAUCUCUCACGUGUGUCUUUAGGUGCUCUGAUACGUCACGGGAUGGGAACUUUGUUGCAUGUUUUUCUAUUCCUUACGUAUUACUUUAUGAAGUUUAUGACUAUGUUUUUAGACUUGAUUUCUAUGAGAUAUUUAUGAUGAGGCAUUCGUGUCAAAGACUACUAUUUUUAGAUGUUGAAAUAAAUUCCGCUGCAAAGUUUUGAAUAUUUAUGUUGAUUGAACUUUGAAGGAAAAUUAGUUAAUUAUUCCAUUUAUGAUUUUUAAGAAGUGUGACAUUCCGUUUAUGUGAAUUACUCUGAUUAUUUAAACGAAAUUUUUAUGUUGGGAAAACGACGUGUUACAACACGUUUAGAAAUAGUCUAUUUUUAUUGAUGUAUCAAGUUAAAUAAUGAGUAGACAAGUCAUAAGGCAAAGUGUCAAUGCAUAUGUGAAUUUAAUAUUAUUUUACUUUUGAUAUCUUUAAAUUUAUUGUUUAAAAAAACUUAAAAUAGAAAAGAAAUGUAAAAUCCUAAAAUAUUAUAUUUUCCAAAAAUAUGCAGUCAUUUGUCACAUUAUUAUUUUUUUUUGUCAAAAAAUCACAUUAUUCUGUGACUUGUGAGCUUAUUAUUCAUCAAUACACAUAACAAAAAGAAACUCAAAAUUCAAUGGUGGAAAUUUAAAAAAAAAAAAAAAAAAAAACUCGGAGAUCAAAGAGAGUGACGAUAACGAUCAACACACUUCAUCCUCUUCUUCAUAAGAGUGAUUUUUGGUCUAUCAAAUAGCUUGAACGUAAACAUACUAAAACAAUGAAAAGAAGAUAAAAAUUAGCAACUUUGUGCGUAUUUCAUAUUACAUAUGCUAAAACGAAUCAGUAAACGAGAAGAAAAAAAAUGAGCAGUCUAACCACAAAUAUUUGAUAAAAUGUAUACUAACCUCUGGUGUAGUUGUGAAAAACGUCUCUAAUUUGAAGAAUUUGAUGGAAUUUAGCUGAAAAUUGAAACAAUGAUAAGAUAUUUGGAUUUGGUUUUUGGUUGUUGUUGUUGUUGAGGUAUUUAGGUUAAUUUUCAUAAAUUGAAAGUGAGGGGAAGUUGUUGAGCAUUACAUAUAUAAUGGUACAUUUCUAAGCAUGUCUUCUAAAGCAUAUUUUCCAUGUUUUAGAUUGUAUAAUCUAUAUACUUAUAUUAAAAGAAAUGUCCUUUGAAUUUACCAUUUUGCCCCUAUUAAGGGUAAUUUGGUAAAUUACUAAUUGGUUGAGUUUUUUUUUUUUUUUAAGGUUGCCUAUAAAUUUUCAUUUUUGCCCCUAACCAAUUUUUUUAAUUAUUUUCUAAUUUUAAUAUUUUUAAUAACUUUUAAUUAUUUUCCAAUUUUUAUAUUUUUAACUAUUUUUCAAUUUUUUCUCCCAAAUUCAGUUGCUUCUACAUUGCCGUUGUGGAAGAUUAAGGUAUCGUUUGACCCGACUUUUUUCAAACUUCUUUACAUUUUUAAGGAGAAGUUAGGCCAAACACAAUAUCAAUUAAGUACUUGCUAAAAAAAGAACAUUUUUUGAACGCAUAAAAUUGAAUAGAAUGAGCUUUGACCAGAAGUUGUUGAAUGUUACUUUAAAAAACUAUUUCUCCACAAUUUAUUUCAUAAACACCUUUUCAACUCACGCUGGGAACCUUUUCUUUAUUUUUUAAUAUUAUAUAUCAAUAUCUUUUUCUUAUUCAAAAAAACUAAACAUAUAUGUUUCCACGACACCAACAAAUAUAAUAUCAUAUAGUAUAAAUUCCAACAUUUAUAAUAGUAAUUUUCUUAAGAAAUCAUCGGGCUUCUUCAAGAGAUUGUCAAGAUAAUUCCAAUUGGGACUAGAAAGAAACUGUGUACGAAUAUUGUGUUGAAAGAUAAAAGGUAUUAUUUUCUUAUUUGUCGGCAGAAGAUGAUAGGAUUUUGUAUACGUUUGUUAAUGACCUGAAAUAUGUCUUUCCUUAUGCAGUGAGAAUAUAGUUGAUGUAACACUAUGGGAAAAAUAUUUCGUAGCUUUAUCAUUUACCAUCUAUUUACCUUGAGUUAUUUGCUUCCAUUUUGUAGUAAAUGGCAACCCAAAUAUAUAUAAUAAUUGGUCAGGUUCGAGGCUACUCAUCAACCUACAUUAUUCGGUUGUUGAGAAGUUUAAAACUUAGUAAGUUUGCAUUAUGAUUUCACAAUACAGUGUUAGAGUAAAUUAUUAUUUCACAAUCUGAUUUAAUUGUUUUUUUUACCAUGUUUCUUGAAUUGUUGUCGUGACCUUAACACUUCUCAAGCUUAGAGUCAAAGCAUCAAUCAGAACUUAAGUCAGAGUUCGGCUUCUUCUCAAUGUACUUCGUACAAAGAUUUUUUCAAUCUGUCUCAAGUUAGGCCAAUUGUUGAAUUUAUAAACUUAGUCAAGGUCUUCUUUUUUUAUGCACAAACAUGCUUUGAAUUUUUUACGCACAAAUUAAAAAUACAUAUUGCAUUAUUCUUUAUUUCAUGUGCAUAUUUGUGUUAGGAUACAUAUUGCAUGACUAUUUGGAAAGCAGCUAAAUUCAAUCUUAACCAGUUUGGAUAAUAUUAUGAGAGUUUCACCAAAUGUUCAAAGACAUCAUUGUCAAAUGGUGCUAGCUAUAGAUGCACAUGCGGGAGUGAUGCUUAAUUUCCAUUUGUUUCAACAAUGUUAAUUGGUCAACGGGGUUCAUAUAAUGCACAUGAAUGCAUUUAUCUAGCCUUUUUAGGAAGAUAAAUUAGAAGUCAUGAUACAUUUUCUUUAGCUUAAAAUCAGUUAUGCUACCUUUAUUUUAUAAAUUAUAUGUAACUAUAUUCGCAUACGUCUUAUCCAUGUUAAUAUGCAUUAGACUAAUAUUGUUGUUAUUUCCCUGUUUAGCAUUUCCCAAACGAGGUUUCAAGAACAAUUCUAAAAGGAAAGCGCAAAACAAUCACUCUCAUUGGUUUCAAUUAUUUUCAUCCUAAAUAUUAUGUCAAUUCCUAAUCUCAUAAACUGAUUAUAUGAUCUCUAAAUCAGCUCAUACAUAUUUUAUGAUGAAUCACAAUGUUCUGUUGUUUUAACAUCUUUUCUUUCGAAUAUUUUUUUUUAUGCCGUGAUUAUCUAAGGUUAUUAUUUUACCUUAUGUUAUACCCUGUUUUUGGACCUAAAAAAUACUGGGCCCAAUUUCAUUUCAAACUUCGUCAAUUAUCAAAUUUCAGCUGCACAGUUCAAUUUGUCUCUGCCUCGCAGUAUUUUCAAUCACAAUUUUACCUAUGUUUUUCUUGCAUAAAACCUUUUAAAAUGUCUUUACUGGUCUUGUAAGUCACGCAAAAGUGUCUCUGAAUCAUUAUGUUGCUUUUUUUCCACAGUUUAUUUCAAAAUUUGCAAAAAGUCAUACAGAAGGGUAUUUUGGUCAUUUCCUGCAGUGGGACCCAUUUUCAUCCUUGUGACUGUCUCUGAGUCUUUUCAAAUUCAUUUUUUACUUUCCAUCAGUAAACCUUGCUAAUUUCAUUUCGAACUUGCAUCUGAGUCAGUGUCGAGUCAAUUUGAGUCUGUUUAGGUCAUUUUUUUAGCCCUAGGGGCAUUUUGGUCAUUUCACAUAAAAUUUUGGCAUGGGGAGGUUACUUUGAAGUACCUCAUUUAGGCCAUUGGUUCGUUUUAGUCCGUUUUGUCAAUUUUAUUUUAGUUUCACUUUACGUUUCGUCAGAUUGCCAAUUUUAUUCCAAUUUUAUUUUUAUUUUACAUUUUGGUCCCCAAGAGGUCCAAAAUUGCGUGUCAGUCCAGAAUUUUCUUUUUUUAUAUUUCAGUCCUUUUUGUCAAUUGCAGUUUAGUCCCUUAAUUUUUCAAUUUUGCAGAAAGGUCCCAAAUUAAUUCUAAGUCCAAGGCCGUGCCAUUUCCAUACAAAUCCAGGUGUCACAUUUUCAUUGGCUCAAGUGUACACAUGUCAACUAUAUAAACAGUGAGUCAGAAUCAGAAGCAAUAAUCACACGCCACUUCACCAAAAAACAGGAUCAAACUUUCUCUUUCUUGUCAGUUAGAUCAAACCAAAAAAUCACAGAGAAAUCACCAAGAACACAAGAACCCUAAGAUUUCCAGAACAAAAUUCAUACACAAAUUCAUUGAUUUUCACAUCAAUCCUCAGAGAUUCGUGUGAAUCUUCAUCACCGGAUUGAGGAAUUCCCCUACAAUUCAAAGUGCGAGCUCACAUUGAAGCAAGCUCAAGCACUGAUCAUAGGGAUUUUUCACACAGAUUCAAAAACGUUGAAGCAAGCUCAAGCACAUAAUCACAGAGAAGCAGAGAAAGAAUCAGAGAAGAUGAAGAUGAACCGGUAAACCGAUUUAUUUUCGGUCCAAAAGCAAGCAAAAUCAUCAAAACCGUCAAGAACAUUCAAGUUUUCCCAAAGAUUUCCUCCAUUAAAGGUUUCAACCAGAACCUUAGGUAAAACUCAGAAUCUUUUCUCAAAAGUAAUAUCACUGUUAAACCUGUAGAAAACAAUCACGCAAGCAAAGCGUAUCAAAAAAUUUCCAGAAUUCAAAGAAAGCCGUAACCGUAAACACGAAACCUAGAUCCAUAAGGAUCUAAGUUUUGAAAGCAAGAACGAGUACUAGAAGCGUAAUCAAACAACGAAACGAUGUAGAUCUUUAAACGAUCUAAACAUUUCUUUUCAAAAACCAAAAAAAUCAGUUUCAAAACCGUACGGAACUUUUUAGAUCUACAACGUUUCAAACCGUAUUUGAAAAAACAGCUGCUGGAUUCGUGUUUAGGGUUAAAGGACGAAUCAAAAUAUGCAAAAAUAUUUGAGUUCUGGAAAUUUUUCACCGGAAACUGCUAGGUCUCGCCGGAGAAGAUGAAGUUUCCGGCGGACCUUCAAGGUCUCCGCCGUAGCUUCAUCCUCACCGGCGGUGAGGGUUUAGAGAGAGAUGAGAGAAGAGAGAGGGGUUAGAGAGAGAAAGAGGAAUACGAAAUGAAAAAACCGGCGCGCUAGGGUUUAUAUAGAGUGCUAGACCGGACCGGUUCAAGACCGGUCCAAUCCCAUGCGUUGUGAGCCCUUAGAUCUAGGGUUUGGGAUCUUGGAUCAAUCCAACGAUCCCUGAGCAUUCCUGUGAGAUCCGGAUCCCUUGGCUUUGGGCCUGGGCCUCUUUUCUUUGCUUUUCUACGUUUUUGCUUUUUUUGUGCUAUUUGCACCGUGUUUCCUUGCUAUCUGCACCUAUUGCUUGUUUACUUCUUUUACAAAAAUUCCUAAAAAAAUCCUAGUGGUUUCUUGAUACAUUCUUGGCAUUUCUAUAGCGUUUUCUUGCAUAAAAAUGUUAAAAUGGCAUGAACUAAUUCCAUGUAUUUUUGUACUUUUGGUAUGCAUUUUGCUAUGUUUUGUUCUUGACAUUUUGAUAGUAUGACAUGGAUAAAUGAUGCCUGUUAUACCCUGUUUUUGGACCUAAAAAUACUGGGCCCAAUUUCAUUUCAAACUUUGUCGAUUAUCAAAUUUCAACUGCGCAGUUCAAAUUGUCUCUGCCUCGCAGUAUUUUCAAUCACAAUUUUACCUAUGUUUUUCUUGCAUAAAACCUUUCGAAAUGUCUUUACUUGUCCUGUAAGUCAUUCAAAAGUGUCUCUGAAUCAUUACAUUGCUUUUUCUACAGUUUAUUUCAAAAUUUGCAAAAAGUCAUACAGAAGGGUAUUUUGGUCAUUUCCUGCAGUGGGACCCAUUUUCAUCCUUGUGACUGUCUCUGAGUCUUUUCAGAUUACUUUUAAACAUUUCAUCAGUAAACUUUGUUAAAAUUCAUUUCAAACUUGCGUCUGAGUCAGUGUCAAGUCAAUUCGAGUCUGUUUAGGUCAUUUUUAGCCCUAGGGGCAUUUUGGUCAUUUCACAUAAAAUUUUGGCAUGGGGAGGUUACUUUGAAGUACCUCAUUUAGGCCAUUGGUUCGUUUUAGUCCGUUUUGUCAAUUUUAUUUGUGUUUCGCUUUACGUUUGGUCAAAUUACCAAUUUUAUUUUAAUUUUUAGUGUUUUUAUUAUUUUUGCAUUUUUGUCCUCAAAGAGUUCCAAAAUUGCAGUUCAGUCCACUUUUUUUCCAAUUUUCAUUUCAGUCCUUUUUGUCAAAUUGCAGUUUAGUCCUUGAAGUUUUAUUUUUUGCAGAAAGGUCCAAAGUUCAUUUUUCAGGUCCAAAGCCGUGCCAUUCCUUUUCCAAAUCCAGGUGUCACAUUUUCGUUGGCUCAAGUGUACACAUGUCAGCUAUAAAAGCAGUGAGUCAGAGUCAAAGCCAAGGACAACACGCCAACUCAACAAACACAUUUUCAGAUUCUCUCUCCAAUCAGUUAGAUCAAAACAGAAAAAUUUCUCAGAUUCAUCAAGAACACGAAGAACACAAAACCCUAACCGUUUCCAGAAAGUCACAAAUUCAUCAAGUUUCAGUGUUUUUCGCAUCAAUUCUCAGAGAUUCGUAUGAAUCUUCAUCACUGAAUUGAUUGAUUCUCUGCAAUUCCAAACGCGAGCUCGCAUCAAAGCAAGCUCAUGCGUUGAUCACAGAGAGCCUCUCGCAAAGAAAUCAAAGAAGCAAGUUCAAACGUAUAAUCAGAGAAAGAAUCGGAGAAGAUGAAGAAACCAAGCCAGUAAACCGAUUUAUUUUCGGUUCAGAGAAAACCAAAGAACGUUCAAGUUUUCCGAAGAUUUUCUCCUUCAAGAAUCUCAACCAAAUUCAGGUAAAACUCAGUUUUCUCUCUUUAAAAAGCAUAAUCACUGUUAAACCUGCAAACAAGAUCCAAAAAAUUUCCAGAAUCAUAAAAAAAAUCAUAACCGUAAGCAAAAACAUAGAUCCAUAGAAAUCCAGAAGUUGUAAGCAAGGACGAGUGCCAGAGAGAUAGCCAACACGGAAUCAAUGUAGAUCUUGAGGUGUUACAAGCUUCUUUUAAAAAUUCUUUGAAAACCUAAAAAAUUUUUCAAAACCGUGACACAAAAACGUAGAUCUACGUUGAUUCACGCCUUGCAUGAAAAAUCCAGUGGCAUAUUCGUGUUUAGGAUGGAAAAGGAUAUCUGAAAAUGUAAGUUUUUUUGAAAACGGUGGAGUUUGUUCAACUCCGGCGGCGGCGCCACCACCCUUGGGCGGCCGGCCACCACGCCGGAGGAGCAAAACUCACCGGGGAAGAUGAAGAUCUUCCGUGUUUUUCCAGAAUCCGGUGAGGGUUUAGAGAGAGAUGAGAGAUGAGAGAAGAGGGAAGAACUUAGAGAGAGAAAGGGAAGUAGAGAAAUGAAAAAACCGGUGCUCUCUUGUUUAUAUAAGCCAGCGAACCGGACCGGUUCAAUCCGGUCCAUUCCCCUUUGAUUCCUGGCCGCUUGAUCUAGGGUUUCAGAAUCCUGGAUCAAUCGUGUGGUUACUGUGCAUCCGGAUCUUUUAAGGAUUGGGCUUUGGUUUGGGCUUAGUUUUUUUACGUUUUUUUUGUUAUUUUCUUGCUAUUUGCACUGCCUGUCUUUGCUAUCCGCACCUGUUGCUUGCCUACCUUUUUAUAGAAAAUUCCUAAAAAAAUCCUAGUUGUUUCUCAAUGUAUUUUUGGCAUUUUUAUGGUGUUUUCUUGCAUGAAAAAAAUAUUAAAAUGGCAUGAACUAAUUUCCAUGAGUUUCUACACUUUUGGUAUGCAUUUUGCUAUGUUUUGUUCUUGGCAUUUUGAUAUUAUGACAUGGAUGAAUGAUGCCUAAUAUGGUGAUGAACAUGCCUCUGGAAAUGUGUUUAUUUUUGUUGUGUUUGGAUAUGAUUUUAUGGAUUACUUGUUUCACAAGAAAUAAUGGUUUAUUUUUUAGAAUAAAGUGGCAAAUUUCUCUAUGAACUUGGUAUGAUAUUUUGCAUGCAUACGCCUCCAUUAAUUGCAUGUCAUGGCUUGAAACAAAAUUUCUUUCUAAAUUGCCAUGAUGUGAUGAUUAUGGGUCACUAGCAUUUUUAAGUAUCAUAUCAAAUGUCUUCUAGGUUUAUUACCACUUUAUUGCUUUCUCUUGGCCAUCUUUAUGCAUUUCCUCUUAAUUACUUCCUACUAUUGUGUGCUUUAUGACUACUAACCAUUUCAUCUCAUGUGCCAUACAUUUCAUAGCAUUCCACCACUCUCUCCACUUUCUUUAGCUUAGCAUUUAUUUUUUGCAAAUCUUAAUUCAUUUGGUGAUGUAAUUUGUUGUCAUUGGUUUGUAGCUUGGCAAAGGGGCCAUAGAAUGUAUUUAGGCAAUUUUUGUAAUAUGGACUAUGGACACUAUGACGCACCGACACGCACACACUCACCUUAGAUGUAUGCAUAGGAUUGUAUGAUUAAAUAAGCGUUUAGGUUUUAAACACUUAGAGAAAAUCCAUCUUUUUUCAAAAAAUAAUUGAACUUCACUUCAAAAACUUUCAUGAUAAGCAUGAAGUCAACACUUCAUUUUUCCUUUCUUUUUUUCUUAAGAAAAAGUUCAAUUCAUCUUAAUCAUUUAGACUUUCUUUCUAAUCACUAAUCAAACCUCACUUUUUUGCUAAAUCUAAUGCUCAUGAAGCCUCCCAAUCUCCUUCUUCAAAACUUUUUUUUCAAAACUUAAAAUCAAACAAUUAAAAUCAAAAAAAAAAGUUUUUUUAGCAAGAACUACGAACGGUUUUGAUCCCUUAAAAGGGUACGUAGGCAAUGAGUCAAAACUCAUCCAAGCCGAAAUAAAAUCAAAAUUCUACUUCUUCUCACCCCCAUUCUUAACUAAAUAAACCUCCCAUUUUCAAAAGUAAGUAAAAAUAAAGCGUAGAAAUCGACUUAGGAAAACGGCUCCUAUAGAGGACUAUAGUUACUCCGGGUGCCUAACACCUUCCCGUAGUAAAACCGACCCCCGAACUUAGAAUCUAAGGGUUUUUUCUCAAUUUUUCCCUUCCCAAGAAAAAAGAGAGAUAUCAACGGUCGAAAGGUACAAGUCCAAUUAAUGACUUGGCACCCAAAAACCAUGAUAACAGAAAUGGCGACUUCACUGGGGAUUCUUUUUAGCGGGUCGCGCCUAGUUUUCUUUAGUUUAUAUUUACGCUUGUUUUAUUGCUUACAUAUGUGAAUAUUUGUUUACUUUCAUUCAACGUGUGGGGUGAGAAUAUCAAAAGUCCUAACCCGGGCUGAGUGAACUUAUGUUUAGGUAGAGAUAUAAUCGACAAUUCGAUCCGGGGGUUGCCUCGUGUAUUGGAUUAUGCGAUCAAUCUCACAUAGCUGAGGCAUUUUGAAGGUGAUAUUGUCGGCGUGUGUUGUCAUGCUUAGGCACUUCACUUUCAAUUGUUCGACGAAGCUAUGAACCGUAGUUACCAAACCCAUCCUAGCUUUUUUUAGGACGUAGUGCGGUGGCUAAAUUGAGUGUUGUCUCAAACUUUAGUCGUCAUGCGAUACUACACUCAAACUAGACCUUCUCACAAAUAAUCAGGGAACGGGUGUCGUCCUGUACUACCAUGAUAUAUGUGAGAGAGGUUGCAGUUUGGGAACUGUGUUAGAACCUUGGUUACUACUGUCCAAAGCCUUAGUUCACCGGACGCCGUGUCCAUCCGUGGCCCUGUUACUUUGAAUCUCAACCCACAUUGUAACUAAACAACACAAUCAUGCAUACAUGCAUUCAUGCAUAAAUAUUUUUCAUGCAUUCAUCGAAGGGUUUAAACAAAUGGAAAUUUUUGUAAAUAAUCACAGGUAUGAAGAAGACUAAGUGCUACAAGUUCAAGGAAGUGGAUUUGGUUAGUUUGAGAGAGUUGGCACUCAAGGUCAAGAGUCAAACAGGGUUCCGACUCCGAUAUGGGGGAUUGCUUACUUUGCUCCGAACCGAUGUGGAAGAGAAGCUAGUGCACACUCUAGUGCAGUUUUAUGAUCCAAGCUUCCGUUGUUUCACUUUUCCGGACUUCCAGUUAGUUCCUACUCUCGAGGCUUACUCCGAUCUAGUGGGUUUACCUAUAGCCGAGAAGACACCUUUCACCGGUCCCGGGGCUCCUCUUACUCCUCUGGUUAUUGCUAAGGAUCUCUACCUCAAGACUUCCGACGUCUCCAACCAUCUUAUUACCAAAUCUCACAUCCGGGGGUUCACUUCGAAGUAUCUUCUUGAUCAGGCUAAUCUCGGUACUACUCGUCAGGAUACACUCGAGGCUAUUCUUGCUUUGCUUAUCUACGGGCUCAUUCUCUUCCCGAACCUCGACAACUUCGUGGACAUGAAUGCUAUCGAGAUCUUUCAUUCCAAGAACCCGGUUCCUACUUUGCUAGCGGAUACCUACCACGCCAUCCAUGACAGGACUCUCAAGGGCCGUGGGUAUAUUCUUUGCUGCACAUCUCUUUUGUAUAGGUGGUUUAUUUCGCACCUUCCGAGUUCCUUCCAUGACAACUCGGAGAACUGGUCCUACUCGCAGCGGAUUAUGGCCCUUACUCCUAAUGAGGUCGUCUGGCUCACUCCCGCCGCUCAAGUGAAGGAAAUCAUUAUGGGUUGCGGAGACUUUCUCAAUGUACCUCUUCUUGGUACCCGUGGAGGAAUCAACUACAACCCCGAGCUUGCUAUGAGACAGUUCGGUUUCCCUAUGAAGUCGAAGCCCAUCAAUCUUGCCACAUCUCCAGAGUUCUUCUUCUACAUGAAUGCUCCCACCGGACAAAGGAAAGCUUUCAUAGAUGCUUGGUCCAAGGUUCGAAGGAAGAGUGUGAAGCAUCUAGGUGUGAGAUCCGGUGUCGCUCAUGAGGCCUAUGCUCAGUGGGUGAUAGAUCGAGCUGAGGAGAUUGGUAUGCCUUAUCCAGCUAUGAGAUAUGUGUCUUCAUCUACCCCAUCUAUGCCUCUACCUUUGCUCCCCGCGACUCAGGAUAUGUAUCAGGAGCAUCUAGCUAUGGAGAGUCGUGAGAAGCAAGUGUGGAAAGCUCGGUACAAUCAAGCUGAGAAUCUAAUCAUGACUUUGGAUGGUAGAGAUGAGCAGAAGACUCAUGAGAAUCUGAUGUUGAAGAAAGAACUAGCUAAAGCCCGGAGGGAAUUGGAAGAGAAAGACGAGCUGCUUAUGAGGGAUUCCAAGAGAGCUCGAGGACGACGAGAUUUCUUUGACAGAUACUGUGAUUCAGAUUCCGAGUCCGAUGAUCCUCCGACUACUUCCUAUGCUUGAGGACUCCAUGUGUUUAUCUUGUUGAAAUUUCAAAGUAUUCCUGUUAAAAAAAUACUAUGUAGUUUUGAUUAUUUGCAAAGAUUUCUAAUUUGUUUAAAAUUCCUUCGAUGAAAAAAAUAAGUCUUUUGCAUUCGCAUUUGCAUAUCAUGCAUCAUAUGCAUCAUGCAUUGGUCACAAAGGCUUCCAAGUGCUCACUAUCUCCUGGUUCCUCUGCCGCAGUGUGAAAAGUGGCUCGUGCUCAGAGAGUUUACGAACCAGAUAGAAUUGAUCGAACCAGAGAAUACAGAAGAAAGAAAAGGGCUAUGGAAGAAGAGAACGCUCAGCUUCGCACCGAGUUAGCCUCUCUAAAGGAGGAAUUGGCUAAAGCUAAUGACGUCAUGACUGCUCUACUAGCUGCUCAAGAGCAAUCAGCUACAGCUAUCCCUACAACCACAGCUGCACCAGUAACUACAAGCGUGCUCCCUACCACUUCUGCAGACAACCGCUUUACUAUGCCAGUGGGGUUUCCGUAUGGGCUUCCACCGUUCUUCACUCCCGUUGCUACAGCAAGCACCUCGGGCACUGCUAACAAUGUUCUGAUCCCUGCAACAAAUGCCGCCUCCAUCAUUGCUACUUUGCCACAAACAACAGCAGCUGUCACUGAGCCUCUGGUACACACUCUGCCUCAAGGUAUUAACAUCAACACACAGCACAGAAGCAUCCCCGUAACCAAGACUAUGGAAGAGAUGAUGGAGGAACUUGCUAAAGAACUCCGUCACGAGAUCCAGGCCAAUCGAGGGAAUGCAGACUCUGUCAAAACUCAAGACCUUUGCUUAGUGUCAAAAGUGGAUGUUCCUAAAAAGUUCAAGAUUCCGGACUUCGACCGGUACAACGGGCUAACUUGUCCUCAAAAUCACAUCAUCAAAUACGUCCGGAAGAUGGGCAAUUACAAAGACAAUGAUUCCCUUAUGAUCCACUGUUUUCAGGAUAGUCUGAUGGAGGAUGCCGCAGAGUGGUAUACUAGUUUGAGUAAGAAUGACAUCCAUACCUUUGAUGAGUUAGCCACCGCUUUCAAGAGCCAUUAUGGGUUUAACACUCGACUGAGGCCAAAUAGGGAGUUUCUCAGGUCCCUAUCUCAGAAGAAGGAGGAAAGUUUCCGUGAAUAUGCGCAAAGGUGGAGAGGGGCGGCUGCCCGUAUCACUCCUGCUUUAGAUGAGGAAGAAAUGACCCAGACGUUCUUAAAGACGUUGAAGAAAGAUUAUGUUGAGAGGAUGAUCAUCGCUGCCCCGAACAACUUUUCGGAGAUGGUCACCAUGGGAACCCGUCUUGAGGAAGCCGUCAGGGAUGGAAUCAUUGUGUUUGAGAAAGCUGAAUCUUCUACGAGUGCAUCGAAAAGGUACGGUAAUGGACACCACAAGAAGAAAGAAACGGAAGUGGGGAUGGUAUCAGCUGGAGCCGGUCAAUCAAUGGCUACUGUUGCUCCCAUCAAUGCAGCUCAAAUGCCUCCGUCAUACCCAUAUAUGCCGUAUUCUCAGCAUCCGUUCUUCCCACCGUUUUAUCAUCAGUACCCUUUGCCGCCGGGCCAGCCUCAAGUGCCCGUCAAUGCGAUUGCCCAACAGAUGAAACAACAGAUGCCGGUUCAACAACAACAACAAAAUCAGCAAGCUAGGCCUACUUUCCCUCCGAUACCGAUGUUAUAUGCUGAGUUGCUUCCAACUUUACUCCAGAGAGGGCAUUGUACAACUAGACAGGGUAAGCCCCCACCUGAUCCGUUGCCUCCAAGGUUCAGGUCUGAUCUCAAAUGCGACUUUCAUCAAGGUGCCCUAGGUCAUGAUGUCGAGGGGUGUUAUGCUUUGAAGUAUAUCGUGAAGAAGCUCAUCGAUCAAGGGAAGCUGACUUUUGAGAAUAAUGUCCCACACGUCCUCGACAAUCCUCUUCCAAAUCAUGCCGCUGUGAAUAUGAUCGAAGUGUGUGAGGAAGCUCCUAGACUUGAUGUCCGCAAUGUUGCCACUCCUCUGGUGCCUCUACAUAUCAAGCUGUGCAAAGCUUCUCUGUUCAAUCAUGAUCAUGCCAAGUGUCUGGGAUGCCUCCGUGAUCCUUUGGGUUGUUAUACUGUUCAAGACGACAUCCAAAGCUUGAUGGAUGAUAAUCUUCUGACUGUCAGUGAUGUUUGCGUGGUCGUGCCAGUUUUUCACGAUCCGCCUGUCAAGAGUGUACCUUUGAAGAAGAAUGCUGAGCCUUUGGUGAUAAGGUUGCCAGGACCAAUUCCUUAUGUUUCGGACAAGGCAGUGCCAUACAAGUACAAUGCUACUAUGAUAGAAAAUGGAGUAGAGGUGCCUCUAGCCUCCUUUGCCACAGUAAGCAAUAUUGCCGAAGGGACUUCUGCAGCGCUAAGAAGCGGGAAGGUCCGUCCGCCGUUAUUUCAGAAGAAAGUAGCUACGCCGACCAUUCCACCAGUUGAAGAAGCAACUCCAACCGUUGUUUCACCCAUUGCUACAGAUGUGAACCAGCCUGGCAAAUCUAUAGAGGAUUCGAAUUUAGAUGAGAUUCUGAGGAUAAUAAAGAGGAGCGACUACAAGAUCGUUGAUCAAUUGCUGCAGACUCCUUCAAAGAUAUCUGUAUUGUCAUUACUCUUGAGCUCCGAGGCUCACAGGAAUACCUUGUUGAAAGUGCUGGAGCAGGCUUAUGUUGACCACGAAGUUACGGUAGAUCGUUUCGGUGGCAUAGUGGGAAAUAUUACUGCUUGUAACAAUCUCUGGUUUAGUGAAGAAGAAUUGCCGGAAGCGGGAAAGAGUCACAAUCUGGCUUUACACAUCUCGGUGAAUUGUAAAUCAGACAUGAUAUCAAAUGUGUUGGUGGAUACCGGUUCCUCCCUCAAUGUAAUGCCCAAGACAACUCUAGAUCAGUUGAGCUACCGUAGGACCCCGUUGAGAAGAAGUACUUUCUUGGUCAAAGCUUUUGAUGGAUCUCGAAAGAAUGUGCUGGGAGAGAUAGAUUUGCCGAUAACCAUUGGCCCUGAGAAUUUCUUGGUUACUUUCCAGGUGAUGGACAUUAAUGCAUCCUACAGUUGCCUGCUGGGAAGACCGUGGAUACACGAUGCAGGUGCGGUUACUUCCACCUUACAUCAGAAGUUGAAAUUUGUGAAGAAUGGAAAACUCGUUACAAUCCAUGGUGAAGAAGCAUACUUAGUCAGCCAAUUGUCUUCUUUUUCUUGUAUUGAAGCAGGGUCUGCUGAAGGGACUGCUUUCCAAGGUUUGACCAUUGAAGGUGCAGAGUCUAAGGAAGCUGGGGCUGCUAUGGCUUCAUUGAAGGAUGCUCAGAGAGCCAUUCAAGAAGGUCAGACUGCCGGCUGGGGCAAGGUGAUACAGCUCUGUGAGAACAAGCGUAAAGAAGGUCUCGGGUUCUCCCCGUCAUCAAGAGCUUCCUCGGGAGUCUUCCACAGUGCUGGGUUUGUUAAUGCUAUCUCUGAAGAAGCCACUGGAUCUGGUCUCAGGCCUGCAUUUGUUACACCAGGAGGCAUUGCGACAAAUUGGGACGCCAUUGACAUUCCUUCAAUCAUGCAUGUUUCUGAGUAAUGUGUCUUGUUGCUUUAAUGCUUUGUUUUCAAAAUAACAAUCCUCUCGCUCUGCCCAAAGCGAGAGUGAUAUUUUCUGUAAGGGCAUGUUUGUUUCGGCAUUGCCGUUGAUUAAUAAAAUUUUGUCGUUUCUUCCACGACUACUUUUUUUUAGUGCUUUUUCCCUUGGAAACAAUGGUAAUGCCAGAAAAAACCAAAACGUCUGUAUUUUCUUAUUAAUUUCAAAAAUCUGCAUGAAAAAAAAAAAAAAAAAAAAAACUCUUUCUUAAAUCAUCCAACCAUUAUAUGCAGGUUGAACCAUAAUAAACCCGUUGAACACAGUAAUCCUACGGUUCCUCCAAGUUUUGAUUUCCCUGUGUAUGAAGCCGAAGAUGAGGAAGGUGAUGACAUACCGUAUGAGAUCACUCGGUUACUUGAGCAAGAAAAGAAAGCCAUUCAGUCUCACCAGGAAGAAAUUGAGCUUAUCAACAUAGGUACCGAGGAAAACAAGCAAGAAAUCAAGAUUGGUGCUACUCUAGAGGAAGGGGUUAAACAGAAGAUCAUCCAGCUCCUCCGGGAAUAUCCGGAUAUUUUUGCAUGGUCCUAUGAAGAUAUGCCAGGUCUAGACCCUAUGAUCGUGGAGCAUCGGAUCCCUACCAAGCCUGAAUGUCCUCCCGUCAGGCAGAAAUUGAGAAGGACUCAUCCUGAUAUGGCUCUCAAAAUCAAGAAUGAAGUUCAAAAGCAGAUUGAUGCGGGUUUCCUCAUGACAGUUGAGUAUCCCGAAUGGGUUGCCAAUAUUGUGCCUGUGCCAAAGAAGGAUGGUAAAGUUCGGAUGUGUAUUGACUUCAGAGACCUGAACAAAGCCAGCCCAAAAGACAACUUUCCAUUACCUCAUAUUGAUGUGCUUGUUGAUAAUACUGCUCAAUCUAAGGUGUUCUCCUUCAUGGACGGUUUUUCCGGUUAUAAUCAGAUCAAGAUGUCUCCUGAAGAUAGAGAAAAGACAUCUUUUAUCACUCCAUGGGGUACUUUCUGCUACAAGGUGAUGCCGUUCGGCCUAAUCAAUGCUGGUGCUACCUAUCAAAGGGGAAUGACUACUCUGUUUCAUGACAUGAUUCACAAAGAAGUUGAGGUAUAUGUGGAUGACAUGAUUGUGAAGUCAGCAGAUGAGGAGCAGCAUGUUGAAUAUUUAACAAAGAUGUUUGAAAGGUUGAGAAAAUACAAGCUGCGAUUGAAUCCCAACAAAUGUACAUUCGGUGUCAGGUCCGGAAAGUUAUUAGGCUUCAUUGUCAGCCAAAAGGGCAUUGAAGUCGAUCCUGAUAAAGUCCGGGCCAUCCGAGAAAUGCCAGCUCCACAGACAGAGAAGCAAGUCAGAGGUUUCUUGGGACGUUUGAAUUACAUCUCCCGAUUCAUAUCUCAUAUGACUGCAACCUGCGGGCCGAUCUUCAAGCUACUUAGAAAGAACCAGCCUGUUGUAUGGAAUGAUGAAUGCCAAGAAGCUUUUGAUAGCAUCAAGAAUUACCUGCUGGAACCACCUAUCCUUGUCCCACCCGUGGAAGGAAGGCCUUUGAUUAUGUAUUUGGCAGUGUUUGAUGAAUCCAUGGGAUGCGUGCUUGGUCAACAAGAUGAAACUGGAAAGAAAGAGCAUGCUAUCUACUAUCUAAGCAAGAAGUUCACCGAUUGUGAAACUCGGUAUACAAUGCUUGAGAAGACUUGUUGUGCUUUAGCUUGGGCUGCCAAACGCCUGCGUCAUUAUUUGGUGAAUCAUACAACUUGGUUGAUAUCCAGAAUGGAUCCGAUAAAGUAUAUCUUUGAGAAAGCUGCUGUUACUGGAAAGAUUGCACGCUGGCAGAUGCUUUUGUCAGAAUAUGAUAUUGUGUUCAAAACUCAAAAGGCAAUCAAAGGUAGCAUUCUUGCCGAUCACCUUGCUUACCAACCUCUUGAUGAUUACCAACCAAUUGAAUUCGAUUUCCCCGAUGAAGAGAUCAUGUAUUUGAAAUCCAAAGACUGCGAAGAACCGUUGAUUAAUGAAGGUCCAGAUCCCAAUAGCAAGUGGGGUUUAGUCUUUGAUGGUGCUGUCAAUGCUUAUGGUAAGGGAAUUGGGGCAGUCAUUGUAUCCCCGCAGGGGCAUCACAUUCCUUUUACCGCCAGAAUCUUGUUCGAAUGUACCAACAAUAUGGCUGAGUAUGAAGCAUGUAUCUUUGGGAUCGAGGAAGCAAUUGACAUGAGAAUCAAACACCUCGACAUCUAUGGAGAUUCUGCGCUCGUCAUCAAUCAGAUAAAGGGUGAAUGGGAGACCCACCAUGCUAAUUUGAUUCCUUAUCGUGAUUAUGCGAGACGUUUGCUGACAUAUUUUACAAAGGUUGAGCUGCACCAUAUUCCUCGUGAUGAGAACCAAAUGGCUGAUGCUCUUGCUACUCUAUCCUCCAUGUUUCGAGUAAACCAUUGGAAUGAUGUGCCAAUAAUCAAAAUGCAACGCCUUGAAAGACCUUCACAUGUGUUUGCUAUUGGGGAUGUGAUCGAUCAGGCUGGUGAAAAUGUGGUUGACUAUAAACCCUGGUACUAUGACAUCAAGCAGUUCUUGCUGAGCCGUGAGUAUCCGCCGGGUGCUUCCAAACAAGAUAAGAAGACCCUGAGAAGAUUGGCCGGUAGAUUCCUGUUAGAUGGAAAUAUUCUGUACAAGAGGAACUAUGACAUGGUAUUGUUAAGGUGUGUUGAUGAACAUGAAGCAGAGCAGUUAAUGCAUGAUGUACAUGACGGUACCUUCGGGACCCAUGCUACAGGGCAUACUAUGUCAAGAAAGUUGUUACGAGCAGGUUAUUACUGGAUGGCCAUGGAGCAUGAUUGCUACCAAUACGCCAGAAAGUGCCACAAAUGUCAAAUCUAUGCUGAUAAGAUCCAUGUGCCUCCGCAUGCUCUCAAUGUUAUGUCAUCCCCAUGGCCGUUCUCAAUGUGGGGCAUUGACAUGAUUGGAAGAAUUGAACCGAAGGCUUCAAAUGGUCAUCGUUUCAUCUUAGUGGCAAUUGACUACUUCACCAAGUGGGUUGAAGCAGCAUCUUAUACCAAUGUGACCAAGCAAGUGGUAGCUAAGUUCAUCAAGAACAACAUCAUCUGUCGAUAUGGUGUUCCCAGCAAGAUUAUUACUGACAAUGGUACCAACCUGAACAACAAUGUGGUGCAAGCUCUUUGUGAAGAAUUCAAAAUUGAGCACCAUAACUCUUCUCCUUAUAGACCUCAGAUGAAUGGUGCAGUUGAGGCCGCCAACAAGAAUAUCAAGAGAAUUGUCCAGAAGAUGGUAACUACUUACAAGGACUGGCAUGAGAUGUUACCCUAUGCUCUGCAUGGCUACCGUACUACAGUGCGCAGUUCAACCGGGGCAACCCCUUUCUCUCUUGUAUAUGGUAUGGAAGCAGUUCUUCCUUUGGAAGUGGAGAUCCCGUCUCUCCGUGUGAUCAUGGAAGCAAAGUUAUCUGAGGCUGAAUGGUGCCAAAGCCGGUAUGAUCAGUUGAAUUUGAUUGAGGAAAAACGUAUGGAUGCCAUGGCUCGUGGACAUUCAUAUCAAGCCAGAAUGAAGACUGCUUUUGACAAGAAAGUCAAUCCUCGAGAAUUCAAGGUAGGGGAACUUGUUUUGAAAAGGAGGAUAAGCCAGCAACCCGACCCAAGGGGCAAGUGGACGCCUAACUAUGAAGGUCCUUAUGUUGUCAAGAAGGCCUUCUCCGGUGGUGCUUUAAUCCUUACACACAUGGAUGGUGUAGAACUUCCAAAUCCAGUGAAUGCUGAUAUAGUCAAGAAAUACUUUGCCUAGAAAUAUGAAAAGAACAGCGUGGUAGGUCGAAAACCCGAAAGGGCGGCCUAGGCAAAAAUGCGCUUCCCGGUGGAUCGAAAACCCGAAAGGGCGGUCCAGGCAAAAAUAAGGGACAAAAAAGAAACAAAUAUGAAAAGCUCGCUGAGAUUGUACACAACUCAGGCAAGAAUGAGCGUCUCGAUGAGCCGAAAACCCGGAAGGGCGGUUCAUGCAAAAAUGAGAUUGAAACAAAAGGCAAGUAACUAUAUCUAGUCAACCACCGUUCCCCUUGAGGCAUCUGCAGCUGUUAAUGACCGUCUUCAUCAAAAAGCUUAUGUACUCGUGGAUUCAAAGUUUCUAAGAAAUGUAGUGAUUGCUGUGUUCAAUGUACCACCAACCAAUAAAAUUACCAUUUUCCAAGCUUUGUGAAUCCGUGGAGUCACGCCUUUGGCUGACCACCACUCUUACACAUCAAUUUGAGCUUGUGCUUUUGUUUAAAACUCUACCUUUCUUCUACUUUCAAAGCUAUAUACAAAACAUUUUCCUUCUAUUUUGAUAAUGACAAUGCUUGAAACAAACAUUUUUGAAAAUUGAAAACUUUUUGUCUAUUUUGAAAAGCAAACCUGAGCAACGGGGUACAUUCAAAUGAAACAUGCAUGAGCGAGAAUAUGUUAAUGUCUAUUUCAAUAUAUGUUACAAGCAGGUUCUCCUCCAGGAUAGUCUGUGGUCAAUGGCAAGAAUGAAAAAACAGAAUGAAAAUGCAUGAAAAUGAAAAGGCUCGCUAAGUUGAAAACCCGAAAGGGCGACUUAGGCAAAAAUGAGCACCCCGCUGGAUUGACAACCCGAAAGGGCAAUUCAGGCAAAAAUGGGGCAUUGAAAAGAAUUUAUUUCCCCGGUGGACCGAAAACCCGAAAGGGCGAUCCAGGCAAAAAUGGGAUGCGAAAAAUGAUGAAUGAAAUUGAGAAUAUAACAUGCAAGAAGCAUUGACCACAGAUGCAAUGUCUACAACAUGCCCAGCACAACGGCAUUUUCCCCAGUCAAGUCUUCCAAGAUUCUAUCUCCAGCAAGUUGCAUACCUACCUAUCCUCAGCCUUGGUUCUGAUACGUCUCCCAACGACGUCAUCUCCAAAGAGGAUUUCCAAGAAUGUGUAAUAUAGCACGAGCCACUACGUGCCCAAUACUCUAAUGUCUUGUCUUCUCCGUGAAGUCGUGCCUACAAAAUGCCAACAGUCAUGCAUUACAAGCAUUCAUACAUGCAUAAUCAUGCAUAUUACGUGCCCAUGCAUUUAAUGAAAUUGUUAUAUCAUCCAUGCAUAUUGCAUUUCCAAUGUCAACAUCAGUCUCAAUUCAAUACUCAUGUCAGGUUCUCCGUCAAAACCUUGUGAGCCAAUAAUAUCGGUCAAUUUCUGCCUUUCAAUUCAAAUCGACGUCAAGUCAACCUCAAUCUAUAUUUUGUCAACAAACCAAUCCCCAGUGAAUGUGUUUCUGUUUGGUCAAGUUACUAGUUCGCAUCCAAGAACGACUUGUACCCAUUUACUUUUCAAUGUUAUCGGUCGAGUGCCCAGCUCAAUCCAAGAGCAGCUUGUACCUGUCUAUAUGUUUCCGUUUGGUCAAGUGACUAGCUCAAUCCAAGAGCAGCUUGUACCUGUCUAUCUGUUUCUGUCCGGUGGAGUAACCAGUUCGAAUCCAUAAGAACAACUCAUGUUUGUCCAGUAACCUCUAUCCCCAAGUGAGUCACCAGUUCGAAUCCAUAAGAACAACUCAUGUUUGUCCAGUAACCUCUAUCCCCAAGUGAGUCACCAGUUCGAAUCCAUAAGAACAACUCAUGUUUGUCCAGUAACCUCUAUCCCCUGUGAAGUGACCAGUUCGAAUCCAUAAGAACAACUCGCAGUUGUCUGUUUGUUUCAUCCCCGGUCAAGUGGCUAGUUUGAAUCCAAGAACAGCUUGUACCUGUCCAACUUGUUUCUAGUUUCCCGUUACUCUGCUAUUCACUAUCUUUGUCAAUGUCUACCAAUCCCGCAAUGGAUACGACAUAUUUUGUUAAUUCCAAUCCCCAUGAGGUCUUGCAUUCAUAAUCCAAAUGAUGCAUGGCAUGCAUAUUAUUUGAAAAUGGGUAGGCGUAUUUUUACGUCCAAACACAGUGUAAAUGCUAAUAUUUAAGUAUCUUCGUCCUGUCAAGCCAAAGACUCCGUCUCUUGAUUCUCCGGACAAAGAAACUUAAAUAGGGGCAGCUGUUAUACCCUGUUUUUGGACCUAAAAAUACUGGGCCCAAUUUCAUUUCAAACUUUGUCGAUUAUCAAAUUUCAACUGCGCAGUUCAAAUUGUCUCUGCCUCGCAGUAUUUUCAAUCACAAUUUUACCUAUGUUUUUCUUGCAUAAAACCUUUCGAAAUGUCUUUACUUGUCCUGUAAGUCAUUCAAAAGUGUCUCUGAAUCAUUACAUUGCUUUUUCUACAGUUUAUUUCAAAAUUUGCAAAAAGUCAUACAGAAGGGUAUUUUGGUCAUUUCCUGCAGUGGGACCCAUUUUCAUCCUUGUGACUGUCUCUGAGUCUUUUCAGAUUACUUUUAAACAUUUCAUCAGUAAACUUUGUUAAAAUUCAUUUCAAACUUGCGUCUGAGUCAGUGUCAAGUCAAUUCGAGUCUGUUUAGGUCAUUUUUAGCCCUAGGGGCAUUUUGGUCAUUUCACAUAAAAUUUUGGCAUGGGGAGGUUACUUUGAAGUACCUCAUUUAGGCCAUUGGUUCGUUUUAGUCCGUUUUGUCAAUUUUAUUUGUGUUUCGCUUUACGUUUGGUCAAAUUACCAAUUUUAUUUUAAUUUUUAGUGUUUUUAUUAUUUUUGCAUUUUUGUCCUCAAAGAGUUCCAAAAUUGCAGUUCAGUCCACUUUUUUUCCAAUUUUCAUUUCAGUCCUUUUUGUCAAAUUGCAGUUUAGUCCUUGAAGUUUUAUUUUUUGCAGAAAGGUCCAAAGUUCAUUUUUCAGGUCCAAAGCCGUGCCAUUCCUUUUCCAAAUCCAGGUGUCACAUUUUCGUUGGCUCAAGUGUACACAUGUCAGCUAUAAAAGCAGUGAGUCAGAGUCAAAGCCAAGGACAACACGCCAACUCAACAAACACAUUUUCAGAUUCUCUCUCCAAUCAGUUAGAUCAAAACAGAAAAAUUUCUCAGAUUCAUCAAGAACACGAAGAACACAAAACCCUAACCGUUUCCAGAAAGUCACAAAUUCAUCAAGUUUCAGUGUUUUUCGCAUCAAUUCUCAGAGAUUCGUAUGAAUCUUCAUCACUGAAUUGAUUGAUUCUCUGCAAUUCCAAACGCGAGCUCGCAUCAAAGCAAGCUCAUGCGUUGAUCACAGAGAGCCUCUCGCAAAGAAAUCAAAGAAGCAAGUUCAAACGUAUAAUCAGAGAAAGAAUCGGAGAAGAUGAAGAAACCAAGCCAGUAAACCGAUUUAUUUUCGGUUCAGAGAAAACCAAAGAACGUUCAAGUUUUCCGAAGAUUUUCUCCUUCAAGAAUCUCAACCAAAUUCAGGUAAAACUCAGUUUUCUCUCUUUAAAAAGCAUAAUCACUGUUAAACCUGCAAACAAGAUCCAAAAAAUUUCCAGAAUCAUAAAAAAAAUCAUAACCGUAAGCAAAAACAUAGAUCCAUAGAAAUCCAGAAGUUGUAAGCAAGGACGAGUGCCAGAGAGAUAGCCAACACGGAAUCAAUGUAGAUCUUGAGGUGUUACAAGCUUCUUUUAAAAAUUCUUUGAAAACCUAAAAAAUUUUUCAAAACCGUGACACAAAAACGUAGAUCUACGUUGAUUCACGCCUUGCAUGAAAAAUCCAGUGGCAUAUUCGUGUUUAGGAUGGAAAAGGAUAUCUGAAAAUGUAAGUUUUUUUGAAAACGGUGGAGUUUGUUCAACUCCGGCGGCGGCGCCACCACCCUUGGGCGGCCGGCCACCACGCCGGAGGAGCAAAACUCACCGGGGAAGAUGAAGAUCUUCCGUGUUUUUCCAGAAUCCGGUGAGGGUUUAGAGAGAGAUGAGAGAUGAGAGAAGAGGGAAGAACUUAGAGAGAGAAAGGGAAGUAGAGAAAUGAAAAAACCGGUGCUCUCUUGUUUAUAUAAGCCAGCGAACCGGACCGGUUCAAUCCGGUCCAUUCCCCUUUGAUUCCUGGCCGCUUGAUCUAGGGUUUCAGAAUCCUGGAUCAAUCGUGUGGUUACUGUGCAUCCGGAUCUUUUAAGGAUUGGGCUUUGGUUUGGGCUUAGUUUUUUUACGUUUUUUUUGUUAUUUUCUUGCUAUUUGCACUGCCUGUCUUUGCUAUCCGCACCUGUUGCUUGCCUACCUUUUUAUAGAAAAUUCCUAAAAAAAUCCUAGUUGUUUCUCAAUGUAUUUUUGGCAUUUUUAUGGUGUUUUCUUGCAUGAAAAAAAUAUUAAAAUGGCAUGAACUAAUUUCCAUGAGUUUCUACACUUUUGGUAUGCAUUUUGCUAUGUUUUGUUCUUGGCAUUUUGAUAUUAUGACAUGGAUGAAUGAUGCCUAAUAUGGUGAUGAACAUGCCUCUGGAAAUGUGUUUAUUUUUGUUGUGUUUGGAUAUGAUUUUAUGGAUUACUUGUUUCACAAGAAAUAAUGGUUUAUUUUUUAGAAUAAAGUGGCAAAUUUCUCUAUGAACUUGGUAUGAUAUUUUGCAUGCAUACGCCUCCAUUAAUUGCAUGUCAUGGCUUGAAACAAAAUUUCUUUCUAAAUUGCCAUGAUGUGAUGAUUAUGGGUCACUAGCAUUUUUAAGUAUCAUAUCAAAUGUCUUCUAGGUUUAUUACCACUUUAUUGCUUUCUCUUGGCCAUCUUUAUGCAUUUCCUCUUAAUUACUUCCUACUAUUGUGUGCUUUAUGACUACUAACCAUUUCAUCUCAUGUGCCAUACAUUUCAUAGCAUUCCACCACUCUCUCCACUUUCUUUAGCUUAGCAUUUAUUUUUUGCAAAUCUUAAUUCAUUUGGUGAUGUAAUUUGUUGUCAUUGGUUUGUAGCUUGGCAAAGGGGCCAUAGAAUGUAUUUAGGCAAUUUUUGUAAUAUGGACUAUGGACACUAUGACGCACCGACACGCACACACUCACCUUAGAUGUAUGCAUAGGAUUGUAUGAUUAAAUAAGCGUUUAGGUUUUAAACACUUAGAGAAAAUCCAUCUUUUUUCAAAAAAUAAUUGAACUUCACUUCAAAAACUUUCAUGAUAAGCAUGAAGUCAACACUUCAUUUUUCCUUUCUUUUUUUCUUAAGAAAAAGUUCAAUUCAUCUUAAUCAUUUAGACUUUCUUUCUAAUCACUAAUCAAACCUCACUUUUUUGCUAAAUCUAAUGCUCAUGAAGCCUCCCAAUCUCCUUCUUCAAAACUUUUUUUUCAAAACUUAAAAUCAAACAAUUAAAAUCAAAAAAAAAAGUUUUUUUAGCAAGAACUACGAACGGUUUUGAUCCCUUAAAAGGGUACGUAGGCAAUGAGUCAAAACUCAUCCAAGCCGAAAUAAAAUCAAAAUUCUACUUCUUCUCACCCCCAUUCUUAACUAAAUAAACCUCCCAUUUUCAAAAGUAAGUAAAAAUAAAGCGUAGAAAUCGACUUAGGAAAACGGCUCCUAUAGAGGACUAUAGUUACUCCGGGUGCCUAACACCUUCCCGUAGUAAAACCGACCCCCGAACUUAGAAUCUAAGGGUUUUUUCUCAAUUUUUCCCUUCCCAAGAAAAAAGAGAGAUAUCAACGGUCGAAAGGUACAAGUCCAAUUAAUGACUUGGCACCCAAAAACCAUGAUAACAAUGCCUAAUAUUGUGGUGAAUAUAACUCUGGAAAUGUGCUUUUGUUUGCUAUUUGUGAAUAUGAUUUUAUGGAUUUCUUGUUUUACAAGCAACAAGUGUUUAUUUUUAGGAAUAAAGUAGGAAAUUUCUUCAUGAAUUUGGUGUGGUAUUUUGCUUGCACAUGUCUCCAUUAAUUGCAUGUCAUGGUUUAAAACAAAAUUUCUUUCAAAAUUGCCAUGAUGUGAUAAUUAUGGGUCACUAGCAUCUUUAGGUAUCAUAUCAAAUGUUUUUUUAGGUUUUUACCACUUUGUUACUCUUUCUUUGCCAUUCUUAUGCACUUCCUUUUGAUUAUUUCCUACUAUUUUGUGCUUUAUAAUCACUAACCAUUUCAUCUCAUGUGCCAUACAUUCCAUAGCAUUCCACCACCCUCUCCACUUUCUUUAGCUUAGCAUUUAUUUUUUGCAAGUUUUAAUUCAUUUGGUGAUGUAAUUUGUUAUCAUUGGUUUGUAGCUUGGCAAAGGGGCCAUAGAAUGUAUUUAGGCAAUUUUUGUAAUAUGGACUAUGGACACUAUGACGCACCGACACGCACACACUCACCUUAGAUGUAUGCAUAGGAUUGUAUGGUUAAAUAAGCGUUUAGGUUUUAAACACUUAGAGAAAAUCCAUCUUUUUUUCAAAAAAAAACAAUUGAACUUCACUUCAAAAUUUUCAUAAUAAGUAUGAAGUCAACACUUCAUUUUUUUUCCUUUCUUUUUUCUUAAGAAAAAUUCAAUUCAUCUUAACUAUUUAGACUUUCUUUCUAAUCACUAAUCAAACCUCACUUUUUUGCUAAAUCUAAUGCUCAUGAAGCCUCCCAAUCUCCUUCUUCAAAACCUUUUUUUCAAAACUUAAAAUCAAACAAUUAAAACAAAAAACAAGUUUUUUUAGCAAGAACUACGAACGGUUUUGAUCCCGUAAAACGGUACGUAGGCAAUGAGUCAAAACUCAUCCAAGCCGAAAUAAAAUCAAAUUCUACUUCUUCUCACCCCCAUUCUUCACUAAUCAUACCUUCUUUUUUACAAAUAAGCAAUAAAACUAAAGCGUAGAAAUAAACUUAGGAGAACGGUUCUUAUGGAAUACCAUAAUCGCUCCGGGUGCCUAACACCUUCCCGUAGUGAAAACGACCCCCGAAUCUAGAACUUUUUAAGGGUUUUUUCUCCUUUUACCCUUCCCAAGAAAAAAGAGAGAUAUCAACGGUCGAAAGGUUCAAGUCCAAUUAAUGGCUUGGCACCCCAAAACCAUGAUAACAGAAAUGGCGACUUCACUGGGGACUCUUUUUAGCGGGUCGCGCCUAGUUUUCCUUAGUUUAUAUUUACACUUUGUUUUAUUGCUUACAUAUGUGAAUAUUUGUUUACUUUCAUUCAACGUGUGGGGUGAGAAUAUCAAAAGUCCUAUACCCGGGCUGAGUGAACUUAUGUUUAGGUAGAGAUAUAAUCGACAAUUCGAUCCGGGGGUUGCCUCGUGUAUUGGAUUAUGCGAUCAAUCUCACAUAGCUGAGGCAUUUUGAAGGUGAUAUUGUCGGCGUGUGUUGUCAUGCUUAGGCACUUCACUUUCAAUUGUUCGACGAAGCUAUGAACCGUAGUUACCAAACCCAUCCUAGCCUUUUUAGGACGUAGUGCGGUGGCUAAAUUGAGUGUUGUCUCAAACUUUAGUCGUCACGCGAUACUACACUCAAACUAGACCUUCUCACAAAUAAUCAUGGAACGGGUGUCGUCCUGUACUACCAUGAUAUAUGUGAGAGAAGUUGCAGUUUGGGAACUGUGUUAGAACCUUGGUUACUACUAUCCAAAGCCUUAGUUCACCGGACGCCGUGUCCAUCCGUGGCCCCGUUACCUUGAAACUCAAUCCACUUUUAACAACACAAUCAUGCAUACAUGCAUUCAUGCAUAAACAUUUUUCAUGCAUUCAUCGAAGGGUUUAAACAAAUGAGAAUUUUUUUUGUAAAUAAUCACAGGUAUGAAGAAGACUAAGUGCUACAAGUUCAAGGAGGUGGAUUUGGUUAGUUUGAGAGAGUUGGCACUCAAGGUCAAGAGUCAAACAGGGUUCCGACUCCGGUAUGGGGGAUUGCUUACUUUGCUCCGAACCGAUGUGGAAGAGAAGCUAGUGCACACUCUAGUGCAGUUUUAUGAUCCGAGCUUCCGUUGCUUCACUUUCCCGGACUUCCAGUUGGUUCCUACUCUCGAGGCUUACUCCAAUCUAGUGGGUUUACCUAUAGCCGAGAAGACGCCUUUCACCGGUCCCGGGACUUCUCUUACUCCUCUGGUUAUUGCAAAGGAUCUCUACCUCAAGACUUCCGACGUCUCCAACCAUCUUAUUACCAAGUCUCACAUCCGGGGGUUCACUUCGAAGUAUCUUCUUGAUCAGGCUAAUCUCGGUACUACUCGUCAGGAUACACUUGAGGCUAUUCUUGCUUUGCUUAUCUACGGGCUCAUCCUCUUUCCGAACCUCGACAACUUCGUGGACAUGAAUGCUAUCGAGAUCUUUCAUUCCAAGAACCCGGUUCCUACUUUGCUAGCGGAUACUUACCACGCCAUCCAUGACAGGACUCUCAAGGGCCGUGGGUAUAUUCUUUGCUGCAUAUCUCUCUUGUAUAGGUGGUUUAUUUCGCACCUUCCGAGUUCCUUCCAUGACAACUCGGAGAACUGGUCCUACUCGCAGCGGAUUAUGGCUCUCACUCCUAAUGAGGUCGUCUGGCUCACUCCGGCCGCUCAGGUGAAGGAAAUCAUUAUGGGUUGUGGAGACUUUCUCAAUGUACCUCUUCUUGGUACCCGUGGAGAAAUCAACUACAACCCCGAGCUUGCUAUGAGACAGUUCGGUUUCCCUAUGAAGUCGAAGCCCAUCAAUCUUGCCACAUCUCCAGAGUUCUUCUUCUACAUGAAUGCUCCUACCGGACAAAAGAAAGCUUUCGUGGAUGCUUGGUCCAAGGUUCGAAGGAAAAGUGUGAAGCAUCUAGGUGUGAGAUCCGGUGUCGCUCAUGAGGCUUAUACUCAGUGGGUGAUAGAUCGAGCUGAGGAGAUUGGUAUGCCUUAUCCAGCUAUGAGAUACGUGUCUUCAUCCACUCCGUCUAUGCCUUUACCUCUACUUCCCGCAACUCAGGAUAUGUAUCAGGAGCAUCUAGCUAUGGAGAGUCGUGAGAAGCAAGCGUGGAAAGCUCGGUACAAUCAAGCCGAGAAUCUAAUCAUGACUUUGGAUGGUAGAGAUGAGCAGAAGACUCAUGAGAAUCUGAUGUUGAAGAAAGAACUAGCUAAGGCCCGGAGGGAAUUGGAAGAGAAAGACGAGCUGCUUAUGAGGGAUUCCAAGAGAGCUCGAGGACGACGAGAUUUCUUUGACAGAUACUGUGAUUCAGAUUCCGAGUCCGAUGAUCUUCCGACUACUUCCUAUGCUUGAGAGCUCUAUUUGUUUACCUUGUUGAAAAUGUUGUGUAAUUUUGUUUAUUUGCAAGAUUUCUAAUUUGUUUUAAAAUCCUUCGAUGAAAAAAAUAAGUCUUUUGCAUUCGCAUUUGCAUAUCAUGCAUCAUAUGCAUCAUGCAUUGGUCACAAAGGCUUCCAAGUGCUCAUUAUCUCCUGGUUCCUCUGCCGCAGUGUGAAAAGUGGCUCGUGCUCAGAGAGUUUACGAACCAGAUAGAAUUGAUCGAACCAGAGAAUACAGAAGAAAGAAAAGGGCUAUGGAAGAAGAGAACGCUCAGCUUCGCACCGAGUUAGCCUCUCUAAAGGAGGAAUUGGCAAAAGCUAAUGACGUCAUGACUGCUCUACUAGCUGCUCAAGAGCAAUCAGCUACAGCUAUCCCUACAACCACAGCUGCACCAGUAACUACAAGCGUGCUCCCUACCACUUCUGCAGACAAUCGCUUUACUAUGCCAGUGGGGUUUCCGUAUGGGCUUCCACCAUUCUUCACUCCCGUUGCUACAGCAAGCACCUCGGGCACUGCUAACAAUGUUCUGAUCCCUGCAACAAAUGCCGCCUCCAUCAUUGCUACUUUGCCACAAACAACAGCAGCUGUCACUGAGCCUCUGGUACACACUCUGCCUCAAGGUAUUAACAUCAACACACAGCACAGAAGCAUCCCCGUAACCAAGACUAUGGAAGAGAUGAUGGAGGAACUUGCUAAAGAACUCCGUCACGAGAUCCAGGCCAAUCGAGGGAAUGCAGACUCUGUCAAAACUCAAGACCUUUGCUUAGUGUCAAAAGUGGAUGUUCCUAAAAAGUUCAAGAUUCCGGACUUCGACCGGUACAACGGGCUAACUUGUCCUCAAAAUCACAUCAUCAAAUACGUCCGGAAGAUGGGCAAUUACAAAGACAAUGAUUCCCUUAUGAUCCACUGUUUUCAGGAUAGUCUGAUGGAGGAUGCCGCAGAGUGGUAUACUAGUUUGAGUAAGAAUGACAUCCAUACCUUUGAUGAGUUAGCCACCGCUUUCAAGAGCCAUUAUGGGUUUAACACUCGACUGAGGCCAAAUAGGGAGUUUCUCAGGUCCCUAUCUCAGAAGAAGGAGGAAAGUUUCCGUGAAUAUGCGCAAAGGUGGAGAGGGGCGGCUGCCCGUAUCACCCCUGCUUUAGAUGAAGAAGAAAUGACCCAGACGUUCUUAAAGACGUUGAAGAAAGAUUAUGUUGAGAGGAUGAUCAUCGCUGCCCCGAACAACUUUUCGGAGAUGGUCACUAUGGGAACCCGCCUUGAGGAAGCCGUCAGGGAUGGGAUCAUUGUGUUUGAGAAAGCUGAAUCCUCUGUGAGUGCAUCGAAGAGAUAUGGUAAUGGACACCACAAGAAGAAAGAAACUGAAGUGGGGAUGGUAUCAGCUGGAGCCGGUCAAUCCAUGGCUACUAUUGCUCCCAUCAAUGCAGCUCAAAUGCCUCCGUCAUACCCAUAUAUGCCAUAUUCUCAGCAUCCGUUCUUCCCACCGUUUUAUCAUCAGUACCCUUUGCCACCGGGUCAACCUCAAGUGCCCGUCAAUGCAAUUGCCCAACAGAUGAAACAACAGUUGCCGGUUCAACAACAACAACAAAAUCAGCAAGCUAGGCCUACUUUCCCUCCGAUACCGAUGUUAUAUGCUGAGUUGCUUCCAACUUUACUCCAGAGAGGGCAUUGUACGACUAGACAGGGCAAGCCACCACCUGAUCCGUUGCCUCCAAGGUUCAGGUCUGAUCUCAAAUGCGAUUUUCAUCAAGGUGCCUUAGGUCAUGAUGUCGAGGGGUGUUAUGCUUUGAAGUAUAUCGUGAAGAAGCUCAUUGAUCAAGGGAAGCUCACUUUUGAGAAUAAUGUCCCACAUGUCCUUGACAAUCCGCUACCAAAUCAUGCCGCUGUGAAUAUGAUCGAAGUAUGUGAAGAAACUCCUAGACUUGAUGUCCGCAAUGUCGCAACUCCUCUGGUACCUCUACACAUCAAGCUGUGCAAAGCUUCUCUGUUCAAUCAUGAUCAUGCUAAGUGUCUGGGAUGUCUCCGUGAUCCUUUGGGUUGUUAUGCUGUUCAAGACGACAUCCAAAGCUUAAUGAAUGAUAAUCUUCUGACUGUCAGUGAUGUUUGCGUGAUUGUGCCAGUUUUUCACGAUCCGCCUGUCAAGAGUGUACCUUUGAAGAAGAAUGCUGAGCCUUUGGUGAUAAGGUUGCCAGGACCAAUUCCUUAUGUUUCGGAUAAGGCUGUUCCAUACAAAUACAAUGCUACUAUGAUAGAAAAUGGAGUAGAGGUGCCUCUAGCCUCCUUUGCCACAGUAAGCAAUAUUGCCGAAGGGACUUCUGCAGCGCUAAGAAGCGGGAAAGUUCGUCCGCCGUUAUUUCAGAAGAAGGUAGCUACCCCGACCAUUCCACCAGUUGAAGAAGCAACUCCAACCGUUGUCUCACCCAUUGCUACAGAUGUGAACCAGCCUGGCAAAUCUAUAGAGGAUUCGAAUUUAGAUGAGAUUCUGAGGAUAAUAAAGAGGAGCGACUACAAGAUCGUUGAUCAGUUGCUGCAGACUCCUUCAAAGAUAUCUGUCUUGUCAUUACUCUUAAGCUCUGAGGCUCACAGGAAUACUUUGUUGAAAGUGCUGGAGCAGGCUUAUGUUGACCACGAAGUUACGGUAGAUCGUUUCGGUGGCAUAGUGGGAAAUAUUACUGCUUGUAACAAUCUCUGGUUUAGUGAAGAAGAAUUGCCGGAAGCGGGAAAGAGUCACAAUCUGGCUUUACACAUCUCGGUGAAUUGUAAAUCAGACAUGAUAUCAAAUGUGUUGGUGGAUACCGGUUCCUCUCUCAAUGUAAUGCCCAAGACAACUCUAGAUCAGUUGAGCUACCGUGGGACCCCUUUGAGAAGAAGUACUUUCUUGGUCAAAGCUUUUGAUGGAUCUCGAAAGAAUGUGCUGGGAGAGAUAGACUUGCCGAUAACCAUUGGCCCUGAGAAUUUCUUGGUUACUUUCCAAGUGAUGGACAUUAAUGCAUCCUACAGUUGCCUGCUGGGAAGACCGUGGAUACACGAUGCAGGUGCGGUUACUUCCACCUUACAUCAGAAGUUGAAAUUUGUGAAGAAUGGAAAACUCGUUACAAUCCAUGGUGAAGAAGCAUACUUAGUCAGCCAAUUGUCUUCUUUUUCUUGUAUUGAAGCAGGGUCUGCUGAAGGGACUGCUUUCCAAGGUUUGACCAUUGAAGGUGCAGAGUCAAAGGAAGCUGGGGCUGCUAUGGCUUCAUUGAAGGAUGCUCAGAGAGCCAUUCAAGAAGGUCAGACUGCCGGCUGGGGCAAGGUGAUACAGCUCUGUGAGAACAAGCGCAAAGAAGGUCUCGGGUUCUCCCCGUCAUCAAGGGUUUCCUCAGGAGUCUUCCACAGUGCAGGGUUUGUUAAUGCUAUCUCCGAAGAAGCCACUGGAUCUGGUCUCAGGCCUGUAUUUGUUACACCAGGAGGCAUUGCGAGUGAUUGGGAUGCCAUUGACAUUCCUUCAAUCAUGCAUGUUUCCGAGUAAUGCGUCUUGUUGCUUUAGCGCUUUGUUUUCAAAAAUAACAAUCCUCUCGCUCUGCCCAAAGCGAGAGUGAUAUUUUCUGUAAGGGCGUGUUUGUUUCGGCAUUGCCGUUUGAUGAAUAAAAAUUGUCGUUUCUUUCACGACUGCUUUUUUUUUAGUGCCCUUUUCUUGGAAAAAUGGUAAUGCCAGAAAAAACCAAAACGUCUGUAUUUUCUUAUUAAUUUCAAAAAUCUGCAUGAAAAAAAAACUCUUUCUAAAAUCAUCCAAUCAUUAUAUGCAGGUUGAACCAUAAUAAACCCGUUGAACACAGUAAUCCUACGGUUCCUCCAAAUUUUGAAUUCCCUGUAUAUGAAGCUGAAGAUGAGGAAGGUGAUGACAUACCGUAUGAGAUCACUCGGUUACUUGAGCAAGAAAAGAAAGCCAUUCAGUCUCACCAGGAAGAGAUUGAGCUUAUCAACAUAGGUACCGAGGAAAACAAGCGAGAAAUCAAGAUUGGUGCUACUCUAGAGGAAGGGGUUAAACAGAAGAUCAUCCAGCUCCUCCGGGAAUAUCCGGAUAUUUUUGCAUGGUCCUAUGAAGAUAUGCCAGGUCUAGACCCUAUGAUCGUGGAGCAUCGGAUCCCUACCAAGCCUGAAUGUCCUCCCGUCAGACAGAAAUUGAGAAGGACUCAUCCUGAUAUGGCUCUCAAGAUUAAGAGCGAGGUUCAAAAACAGAUUGAUGCGGGUUUCCUAAUGACAGUUGAGUAUCCUGAAUGGGUUGCCAAUAUUGUGCCUGUGCCAAAAAAGGAUGGUAAAGUCCGGAUGUGUGUUGACUUCAGAGACCUGAACAAAGCCAGUCCAAAAGACAACUUUCCAUUACCUCAUAUUGAUGUGCUUGUUGAUAAUACUGCUCAAUCUAAGGUGUUCUCCUUCAUGGACGGUUUUUCUGGUUAUAAUCAGAUCAAAAUGUCUCCCGAAGAUAGAGAAAAGACAUCUUUUAUCACUCCAUGGGGUACUUUCUGCUACAAAGUGAUGCCAUUCGGUCUAAUUAAUGCUGGUGCUACCUACCAAAGGGGAAUGACUACUUUGUUUCAUGACAUGAUUCACAAAGAAGUUGAGGUAUAUGUGGAUGACAUGAUUGUGAAGUCAGCAGAUGAGGAGCAGCAUGUUGAAUAUUUAACAAAGAUGUUUGAAAGGUUGAGAAAAUACAAGCUGCGUUUGAAUCCCAACAAAUGUACAUUCGGUGUCAGGUCCGGAAAGUUAUUAGGCUUCAUUGUCAGCCAAAAGGGCAUUGAAGUCGAUCCUGAUAAAGUCCGGGCCAUCCAAGAAAUGCCAGCUCCACAGACAGAGAAGCAAGUCAGAGGUUUCCUCGGGCGUUUGAAUUACAUCUCCCGGUUCAUAUCUCACAUGACCGCAACCUGUGGGCCGAUCUUCAAGCUGCUUAGAAAAAACCAGCCUAUUGUAUGGAAUGAUGAGUGCCAAGAAGCUUUUGAUAGCAUCAAGAAUUACCUGCUGGAACCACCUAUCCUUGUCCCACCCGUGGAAGGAAGGCCGUUGAUCAUGUAUUUGGCAGUAUUUGAUGAAUCCAUGGGAUGCGUGCUUGGUCAACAAGAUGAAACUGGAAAGAAAGAGCAUGCUAUCUACUAUCUAAGCAAGAAGUUCACCGAUUGUGAAACUCGGUAUACAAUGCUUGAGAAGACUUGUUGUGCUUUGGCCUGGGCCGCUAAACGCCUGCGUCAUUAUUUGGUGAAUCAUACAACUUGAUUGAUAUCCAGAAUGGAUCCGAUCAAGUAUAUCUUUGAGAAAGCUGCCGUUACUGGAAAGAUUGCACGCUGGCAGAUGCUUUUGUCUGAAUAUGAUAUUGUGUUCAAAACUCAAAAGGCAAUCAAAGGUAGCAUUCUUGCCGAUCAUCUUGCCUACCAACCUCUUGAUGAUUACCAACCAAUUGAGUUCGACUUCCCUGAUGAAGAGAUCAUGUAUUUGAAAUCCAAAGACUGCGAAGAACCGUUGAUUAAUGAAGGUCCAGAUCCCAAUAGCAAGUGGGGUUUAGUCUUUGAUGGUGCUGUCAAUGCUUAUGGCAAAGGAAUCGGGGCAGUCAUUGUAUCCCCGCAAGGGUAUCACAUUCCUUUUACCGCCAGAAUCUUGUUCGAAUGUACCAACAAUAUGGCUGAGUAUGAAGCAUGUAUCUUUGGGAUCGAGGAAGCAAUUGACAUGAGAAUCAAACACCUCGACAUCUAUGGAGAUUCUGCGCUCGUCAUCAAUCAGAUAAAGGGUGAAUGGGAGACCCACCAUGCUAAUUUGAUUCCUUAUCGUGAUUAUGCGAGACGUUUGCUGACAUAUUUUACAAAGGUUGAGCUGCACCAUAUUCCUCGUGAUGAGAACCAAAUGGCUGAUGCUCUUGCUACUCUAUCCUCCAUGUUUCGAGUAAACCAUUGGAAUGAUGUGCCAAUAAUCAAAAUGCAACGCCUUGAAAGACCUUCACAUGUGUUUGCUAUUGGGGAUGUGAUCGAUCAGGCUGGUGAAAAUGUGGUUGACUAUAAACCCUGGUACUAUGACAUCAAGCAGUUCUUGCUGAGCCGUGAGUAUCCGCCGGGUGCUUCCAAACAAGACAAGAAGACCUUGAGAAGAUUGGCCAGUAGAUUCCUGUUAGAUGGAGAUAUUCUGUACAAGAGAAACUAUGACAUGGUAUUGUUAAGAUGUGUUGAUGAACAUGAAGCAGAGCAGUUAAUGCAUGAUGUACAUGACGGUACCUUCGGGACCCAUGCUACAGGGCAUACUAUGUCAAGAAAGUUGUUACGAGCAGGUUACUACUGGAUGGCCAUGGAGCAUGAUUGCUACCAGUACGCCAGAAAAUGCCACAAAUGUCAAAUCUAUGCUGAUAAGAUUCAUGUGCCUCCGCACGCUCUCAAUGUUAUGUCAUCCCCAUGGCCGUUCUCAAUGUGGGGCAUCGACAUGAUUGGAAGAAUUGAACCGAAGGCUUCAAAUGGUCAUCGUUUCAUCUUAGUGGCAAUUGACUACUUCACCAAGUGGGUUGAAGCAGCAUCUUAUACCAAUGUGACCAAGCAAGUGGUAGCUAAGUUCAUCAAGAACAACAUCAUCUGUCGAUAUGGUGUUCCCAGCAAGAUUAUUACCGACAAUGGUACCAACCUGAACAACAAUGUGGUGCAAGCUCUUUGUGAAGAAUUCAAAAUUGAGCAUCAUAACUCUUCUCCCUAUAGACCUCAGAUGAAUGGUGCAGUUGAGGCCGCCAACAAGAAUAUCAAGAGAAUUGUCCAGAAGAUGGUGACCACUUACAAGGACUGGCAUGAGAUGUUACCCUAUGCUCUGCAUGGCUACCGUACUACUGUGCGCAGUUCAACAGGGGCAACCCCUUUCUCUCUUGUAUAUGGUAUGGAAGCAGUUCUUCCUUUGGAAGUGGAGAUCCCAUCUCUCCGUGUGAUCAUGGAAGCAAAGUUAUCUGAGGCUGAAUGGUGCCAAAGCCGGUAUGAUCAGUUGAAUUUGAUUGAGGAAAAACGUAUGGAUGCCAUGGCUCGUGGACAGUCAUAUCAAGCAAGAAUGAAGACUGCCUUUGACAAGAAAGUCCAUCCUCGAGAAUUCAAGGUAGGGGAACUUGUAUUGAAAAGGAGGAUAAGCCAGCAACCCGACCCAAGGGGCAAGUGGACGCCUAACUAUGAAGGUCCUUAUGUUGUCAAGAAGGCCUUCUCCGGUGGUGCUUUAAUCCUUACACACAUGGAUGGUGUAGAACUUCCAAAUCCAGUGAAUGCCGAUAUAGUCAAGAAAUACUUUGCCUAGAAAUAUGAAAAGAACAGCGUGGUAGGUCGAAAACCCGAAAGGGCGGCCUAGGCAAAAAUGCGCUUCCCGGUGGAUCGAAAACCCGAAAGGGCGGUCCAGGCAAAAAUAAGGGACAAAAAAUAUAUGAAAAGCUCGCUGAGAUUGUACACAACUCAGGCAAGAAUGAGCGUCUCGAUGAGCCGAAAACCCGGAAGGGCGGUUCAUGCAAAAAUGAGAUUGAAACAAAAGGCAAGUAACUAUAUCUAGUCAACCACCGUCUCCCUUGGGGCAUCUGCGGCUGUUAAUGCCUAUCUUCAUCUAAAGCUCCUACGCUUGCGAAUUCAAAGUUUCCAGGAAAUGUAAUGAUUGCUGUGUUCAAUGUACCACCAACCAAUAAAAUUACCAUUUUCCAAGCUUUGUGAAUCCGUGGAGUCAUGCCUUUGGCUGACCACCACUCUUAUACAUCAAUUUGAGCCUUUGCUUUUGUUUGAAAACUCUAUUUUUUCUUCUACUUUCAAAGCUAUAUACAAAACAUUUUCUUUCUAUUUUGAUAAUGACAAUGCUUGAAACAAACAUUUUGAAAAUUGAAAACUUUUUGUCUAUUUUGAAAAGCAAACCUGAGCAACAGGGUACAUUCAAAUGAAACAUGCAUGAGUGAGAGUAUGUUGAUGUCUAUUUCAAUAUGUGUUACAAGCAGGUUCUCCUCCAGGAUAGUCUGUGGUCAAUGGCAAGAAUGAAAAAGCAGAAUGAAAAUGCAUGAAAAUGAAAAGGCUCGCUAAGUUGAAAACCCGGAAGGGCGGCUUAGGCAAGAAUGAGCACCCCGCUGGAUUGAAAACCCGAAAGGGCAGUUCAGGCAAAAAUGGGGCAUUGAAAAGAAUUUAUUUCCCCGGUGGAUCGAAAACCCGAAAGGGCGAUCCAGGCAAAAAUGGGAUGCAAAAAAUGAAUGAAUGAAGUUGAGAAUAUAACAUGCAAAAAGCAUUGACCACAGAUGCAAUGUCUACAACAUACCCAGCACUGAAAUGCCCAGCACAACGGCGUUUUCCCCAGUGGAGCCUCUCAAGAUUCUAUCUCCAGCAAGUUGCAUAUCUACCUGCCCUCAGCUAUGGUUCCGACACGUCUCCCAACGACGUCAUCUCCAAAGAAGAUUUCCAAGAAUGUGUAAUAUAGCACGAGCCACUACGUGCCCAAUACUCUAAUGUCUUGUCUUCCCCGUAAAGUCGUGCCUACAAACUGCCAACAGUCAUGCAUUACAAGCAUUCAUACAUGCACAAUCAUGCGUAAUACGUGCCCAUGCAUUUAAUAAAACUGUUAUAUCAUCCAUGCAUAUCGCAUUUCCAAUAUCAAUAUCAGUCUCAAUUCAAAACUCAUGACAGGUCCUUUGUCAAAACCUUGUGAGCCAAUAAUAUCGGUCAAUUUCUACCUUUCAAAUCAAAUCGACGUCAAGUCAAUCUCAAUCUAUAUUUUGCCAACAAACCAAUCCCCAGUGAAUAUGUUUCUGUUUGGUCAAGUGGCUAGUUCAAGGCCAAGAACAGCUUGUACCUAUCAAUUUGCUUAUGUUAUCGGUCGAGUGCCCAGCUCAAUCCAAGAGCAGCUUGUACCUGUCAAUAUGUUUCCGUUUGGUCAAGUGACUAGCUCAAUCCAAGAGCAGCUUGUACCUGUCUAUCCGUUUCUCUCCGGUGGAGUAACUAGUUCGCAUCCAAGAACAAGCUCGCACCUGUCUAUUUGCCUUGCUUUCAGUCGAGUAACCAGUUCGAAUCCUUAAGAACAACUCGUACCUGCCAAUUUUACAUGUUUUCAGUCGAGACACCAGUUCGAAUCCAUAGGAACAACUCGUACUUGUCAAUUUUCUCUUUUUCCAGUCGAGUCACCAGUUCGAAUCCGUAAGAACAACUCGUACUUGCCAAUUUUCUCUUUAUCCCCAAGUGAGCUACCCAGUUCGAAUCCAUAAGAACAACUCAUGUUUGUCCAGUAACCUCUAUCCCCUGUGAAGUGACCAGUUCGAAUCCAUAAGAACAACUCGCAGUUGUCGGUUUGUUUCAUCCCCGGUCAAGUGGCUAGUUCGAAUCCAAGAACAGCUUGUACCUGCCCAACUUGUUUCUAGUUUCCCGUUACUCUGCUAUUCACUAUCUUUGUCAAUGUCUACCAAUCCCGCAAUGGAUACGACAUAUUUUGUUAAUUCCAAUCCCCAUGAGGUCUUGCAUUCAUAAUCCAAAUGAUGCAUGGCAUGCAUAUUAUUUGAAUAUGGGUAGGCGUAUUUUUACGUCCAAACACAGUGCAAAUGCUAAUAUUUAAGUAUCUUCGUCCUGUCAAGCCAAAGACUCCGUCUCUUGACUCUCCAGACAAAGAAACUUAAAUAGGGGCAGCUGUUAUACCCUGUUUUUGGACCUAAAAAAUACUGGGCCCAAUUUCAUUUCAAACUUCGUCAAUUAUCAAAUUUCAGCUGCACAGUUCAAUUUGUCUCUGCCUCGCAGUAUUUUCAAUCACAAUUUUACCUAUGUUUUUCUUGCAUAAAACCUUUUAAAAUGUCUUUACUGGUCUUGUAAGUCACGCAAAAGUGUCUCUGAAUCAUUAUGUUGCUUUUUUUCCACAGUUUAUUUCAAAAUUUGCAAAAAGUCAUACAGAAGGGUAUUUUGGUCAUUUCCUGCAGUGGGACCCAUUUUCAUCCUUGUGACUGUCUCUGAGUCUUUUCAAAUUCAUUUUUUACUUUCCAUCAGUAAACCUUGCUAAUUUCAUUUCGAACUUGCAUCUGAGUCAGUGUCGAGUCAAUUUGAGUCUGUUUAGGUCAUUUUUUUAGCCCUAGGGGCAUUUUGGUCAUUUCACAUAAAAUUUUGGCAUGGGGAGGUUACUUUGAAGUACCUCAUUUAGGCCAUUGGUUCGUUUUAGUCCGUUUUGUCAAUUUUAUUUUAGUUUCACUUUACGUUUCGUCAGAUUGCCAAUUUUAUUCCAAUUUUAUUUUUAUUUUACAUUUUGGUCCCCAAGAGGUCCAAAAUUGCGUGUCAGUCCAGAAUUUUCUUUUUUUAUAUUUCAGUCCUUUUUGUCAAUUGCAGUUUAGUCCCUUAAUUUUUCAAUUUUGCAGAAAGGUCCCAAAUUAAUUCUAAGUCCAAGGCCGUGCCAUUUCCAUACAAAUCCAGGUGUCACAUUUUCAUUGGCUCAAGUGUACACAUGUCAACUAUAUAAACAGUGAGUCAGAAUCAGAAGCAAUAAUCACACGCCACUUCACCAAAAAACAGGAUCAAACUUUCUCUUUCUUGUCAGUUAGAUCAAACCAAAAAAUCACAGAGAAAUCACCAAGAACACAAGAACCCUAAGAUUUCCAGAACAAAAUUCAUACACAAAUUCAUUGAUUUUCACAUCAAUCCUCAGAGAUUCGUGUGAAUCUUCAUCACCGGAUUGAGGAAUUCCCCUACAAUUCAAAGUGCGAGCUCACAUUGAAGCAAGCUCAAGCACUGAUCAUAGGGAUUUUUCACACAGAUUCAAAAACGUUGAAGCAAGCUCAAGCACAUAAUCACAGAGAAGCAGAGAAAGAAUCAGAGAAGAUGAAGAUGAACCGGUAAACCGAUUUAUUUUCGGUCCAAAAGCAAGCAAAAUCAUCAAAACCGUCAAGAACAUUCAAGUUUUCCCAAAGAUUUCCUCCAUUAAAGGUUUCAACCAGAACCUUAGGUAAAACUCAGAAUCUUUUCUCAAAAGUAAUAUCACUGUUAAACCUGUAGAAAACAAUCACGCAAGCAAAGCGUAUCAAAAAAUUUCCAGAAUUCAAAGAAAGCCGUAACCGUAAACACGAAACCUAGAUCCAUAAGGAUCUAAGUUUUGAAAGCAAGAACGAGUACUAGAAGCGUAAUCAAACAACGAAACGAUGUAGAUCUUUAAACGAUCUAAACAUUUCUUUUCAAAAACCAAAAAAAUCAGUUUCAAAACCGUACGGAACUUUUUAGAUCUACAACGUUUCAAACCGUAUUUGAAAAAACAGCUGCUGGAUUCGUGUUUAGGGUUAAAGGACGAAUCAAAAUAUGCAAAAAUAUUUGAGUUCUGGAAAUUUUUCACCGGAAACUGCUAGGUCUCGCCGGAGAAGAUGAAGUUUCCGGCGGACCUUCAAGGUCUCCGCCGUAGCUUCAUCCUCACCGGCGGUGAGGGUUUAGAGAGAGAUGAGAGAAGAGAGAGGGGUUAGAGAGAGAAAGAGGAAUACGAAAUGAAAAAACCGGCGCGCUAGGGUUUAUAUAGAGUGCUAGACCGGACCGGUUCAAGACCGGUCCAAUCCCAUGCGUUGUGAGCCCUUAGAUCUAGGGUUUGGGAUCUUGGAUCAAUCCAACGAUCCCUGAGCAUUCCUGUGAGAUCCGGAUCCCUUGGCUUUGGGCCUGGGCCUCUUUUCUUUGCUUUUCUACGUUUUUGCUUUUUUUGUGCUAUUUGCACCGUGUUUCCUUGCUAUCUGCACCUAUUGCUUGUUUACUUCUUUUACAAAAAUUCCUAAAAAAAUCCUAGUGGUUUCUUGAUACAUUCUUGGCAUUUCUAUAGCGUUUUCUUGCAUAAAAAUGUUAAAAUGGCAUGAACUAAUUCCAUGUAUUUUUGUACUUUUGGUAUGCAUUUUGCUAUGUUUUGUUCUUGACAUUUUGAUAGUAUGACAUGGAUAAAUGAUGCCUAAUAUUGUGGUGAAUAUAACUCUGGAAAUGUGCUUUUGUUUGCUAUUUGUGAAUAUGAUUUUAUGGAUUUCUUGUUUUACAAGCAACAAGUGUUUAUUUUUAGGAAUAAAGUAGGAAAUUUCUUCAUGAAUUUGGUGUGGUAUUUUGCUUGCACAUGUCUCCAUUAAUUGCAUGUCAUGGUUUAAAACAAAAUUUCUUUCAAAAUUGCCAUGAUGUGAUAAUUAUGGGUCACUAGCAUCUUUAGGUAUCAUAUCAAAUGUUUUUUUAGGUUUUUACCACUUUGUUACUCUUUCUUUGCCAUUCUUAUGCACUUCCUUUUGAUUAUUUCCUACUAUUUUGUGCUUUAUAAUCACUAACCAUUUCAUCUCAUGUGCCAUACAUUCCAUAGCAUUCCACCACCCUCUCCACUUUCUUUAGCUUAGCAUUUAUUUUUUGCAAGUUUUAAUUCAUUUGGUGAUGUAAUUUGUUAUCAUUGGUUUGUAGCUUGGCAAAGGGGCCAUAGAAUGUAUUUAGGCAAUUUUUGUAAUAUGGACUAUGGACACUAUGACGCACCGACACGCACACACUCACCUUAGAUGUAUGCAUAGGAUUGUAUGGUUAAAUAAGCGUUUAGGUUUUAAACACUUAGAGAAAAUCCAUCUUUUUUUCAAAAAAAAACAAUUGAACUUCACUUCAAAAUUUUCAUAAUAAGUAUGAAGUCAACACUUCAUUUUUUUUCCUUUCUUUUUUCUUAAGAAAAAUUCAAUUCAUCUUAACUAUUUAGACUUUCUUUCUAAUCACUAAUCAAACCUCACUUUUUUGCUAAAUCUAAUGCUCAUGAAGCCUCCCAAUCUCCUUCUUCAAAACCUUUUUUUCAAAACUUAAAAUCAAACAAUUAAAACAAAAAACAAGUUUUUUUAGCAAGAACUACGAACGGUUUUGAUCCCGUAAAACGGUACGUAGGCAAUGAGUCAAAACUCAUCCAAGCCGAAAUAAAAUCAAAUUCUACUUCUUCUCACCCCCAUUCUUCACUAAUCAUACCUUCUUUUUUACAAAUAAGCAAUAAAACUAAAGCGUAGAAAUAAACUUAGGAGAACGGUUCUUAUGGAAUACCAUAAUCGCUCCGGGUGCCUAACACCUUCCCGUAGUGAAAACGACCCCCGAAUCUAGAACUUUUUAAGGGUUUUUUCUCCUUUUACCCUUCCCAAGAAAAAAGAGAGAUAUCAACGGUCGAAAGGUUCAAGUCCAAUUAAUGGCUUGGCACCCCAAAACCAUGAUAACACCUUAGAUAAACAUUAAAUGUAAAAGUCUGGAGGGAAAAAUUAGGUUAAAACUAGAGCUGACAUUUUGCAUAAAUUAAAUCUAGGGUUAAUAUAGUAAAGUCACGCGAAAAAAUACGUUAAAUCUAGGGUUAAUAUUGCGUCACGGGUUAACAUUUAGAAAUAAGAGAUGACAUUUUGCAUAAAUUAAAUCUAGGGUUAAUAUAGUAAAGUCACACGAAAAAAUUAGGUUAAAUCUAGGGUUAAUAUUGCGUCACGGGUUACCAUUUAGAAAUAAGAGAUGUCAUUUUGCAUAAAUUAAAUCUAAGGUUAAUAUAAUUUGUUUAGUAAAUUUAAAGAGAAAAAUUAGGAGCGAUUUGUUUAUUUUGAUUUCCCUAACAAUUAACGUUAACAUUUUGUUUAAGUUAAACAUGAUUAAUUAAAUAGGGUUAAUACAGUAAAAUUAAGCAAAGAAGUUAGGUUAAAUCUAGGGCAAAAUUUUGCGUUGGGGUUAACUUUAAGAAAUAAAAUAGGUUAAGUAUAGCAAGAAGGAUUAACAUUUAUAAGUAAGAGAUUAGAUUAAGUAUAGCGAGACGGGUUAACGGUUAUUCCUUUCCAAAAAAACAACAUAUAAUUGGGAACAUCAUUUUAUUUUACUUUAGAUAAAUAUUAAAUGCAAAAGUGUGGAGGGAAAAAUUAGGUUAAAAUUAGAGAUGACAUUUUGCAUAAAUUAAAUCUAGGGUUAAUAUAGUAAAGUCACGCGAAAAAAUAUGUUAAAUCUAGGGUUAAUAUUGCAUCAAGGAUUAACAUUUAGAAAUAAGAGAUAACAUUUUGCAUAAAUUAAAUCUAGGGUUAAUAUAGUAAAGUCACAUGAAAAAAUUAGGUUAAAUCUAAGGUUAAUAUUGCGUCAGGGGUUAACAUUUAAAAAUAAGAGAUAACAUUUUGCAUAAAUUAAAUCUAGGGUUAAUAUAGUAAAGUCACAUGAAAAAAUUAGGUUAAAUCUAAGGUUAAUAUUGCGUCAGGGGUUAACAUUUAAAAAUAAGAGAUAACAUUUUGCAUAAAUUAAAUCUAGGGUUAAUAUAAUUUUUGUAGUAAAAUUAGGAGCGAUUUGUUUAAUUUGAUUUCCCUAACAAUUAACGUUAACAUUUUGAUUAAAUUAAAUAGGGUUAAUACUGUAAAAUUAAGCAAAGAAGUUAGGUUAAAUCUAGGGCAAAAUUUUGCGUUCGGGUUAACUUUAAGGAAUAAGAGAUUACAAUAGUUGUUAUGUUAUUUUUUAUGCAGUGUUUUAGGCUCUGUGUUGCAAAAUUUUGGUUUACGCAGUUUUGAUUUUCACAUUGAUAAAGGACAAUAAUUUUCCGUAAUUUAUAAGAUUUCUUCUUCGGAGUUAAAUUUUUUAAAAAUACGUUAUUCAACCCGUGCGAAUUCGCACGGGUUUGUAACUAGUUUGAAUGACAAAAAAAUAAAAAUGUGGAAUGGGUUGAGAGAAAGAGAAAGGAUGGAAAAAGAAUUAGUACGUACUUUGCAAUUAUGGAAUUAAAACCUCUUUUAUCACACAAUAAUGUGCUAAAGCUCAUUAACACAUUGAUUUUUUUUUUUUUAUUUUUAUUUUUUUUUUUUUAUUUUUUAUAGUUGUUCAAUAGACCUCUCAAAAUUGUUCACUUAACUACAAAAGCUAAUCAAAAGAUGCAUCUUGAUCGAAAUUCACAUACAAAAUCAAUCGAUCGGGGUCAUAAACUGAUUGAAAGAGAAAUUGAAAGGUCUAUUGAACAACUUACCUAUAAUUUUCUUCUUUUCUUUUCUAUUAAUUGGUGUGGGCUUCCACAUGAGUAGAGAUUCGCCAAACAGUUCUUUAUUUCACAAUUUAAGUGAAGCAAUUUGUUAUCAUUCCAAUAAGGGAUAGUGUCUGAGGGGGCACUUAUUAAGAAAGAAAUUAAAUACUACCUUAAAAAUUGUGUAUUUAUUUUUAAAAAAUUGGAAAGAGAUCAUUUUAAUAUAAAAUUUGUCUUUUCUUUUUACUUUUAAUUCUUUUAACAAAUGUCCCUAAACUAUUGUUACUGUGUCUUCCAACAACUACUACAUCUGUCCCUAAUUAUAAAACCAUUUUGAGAAUUUUUUUUGUCCCUUUUUAUAAGACCCAUUUUCUAUUUCCAACUACAUUAAUUAUUUCUUUACAUGCAUGGCCCUAUUUAUUAUUGUUGUGUAUGUCUUCAAAUUGCAAAGUUGGGAAGCAGAGAAAUCGUGACACGAUUUUGGUAAUGUCGUGAGCUGGUUUUCAGGGCGUCCAAUCGUUACACGAUUUUUGGCUUGCUGGGCAAGAUUUUCAGGAUAAGGUUGGUCGUACCUUGGAUCGUACGCAUCAAUCGUGGCACGAUUGGGGGAAAAACGUGACACGAUUUUGACGCAGAAGACAGCUAUAAAAGUGUUCUUUGCAGAUUUUGAAUGAGAGCUUGAAGAGAGAGAAACUUGGGAAAUCAAAGGAAGCAACUUUAGGGAUUAGGGUCUUUGAUUAGAGUUCUCUUGGGUUGGGAAACAUUGCAAACACCUUGGUGAGUGAAAAUCAUUGAGUGUCUUGUUCAUUGGUGAGAUUGGGAAAAAUGGUAGAAAUUAGGGUUGUUCUUUGUGAACUUGUCAAAGCUAAUUUCUUGUAACCCUUUUCUAUCUCUUUGGAAGAACUCAUUGAUAGUGGAUUGGAGAGUUCAAUCUCUCCUCCAGAGUAUGUCAAGUUUGGACCGAACUGGAUGAACAAUCUUUGGUGUGUUUGUUUCUCUCUUCUCUCCUUUUAUCUUGUGCUUGUGUUUUGUGCUUUUCACUUUGUUUCCUAGAUUAGAUCUAGGUGUUGUUAUUGUUGAUUAUUGUUUGCAUUCACUUUGUUAUUGGUUACUACUUUCCUUUGCUCCACACAUCAUAGUUUGUUUUGGUGUGAUUUUGAGACCGGAAUUCACAACAAUUAUACAUUUUUUCUUCAAUCAGCAAUAAAUAGAAUGUUGAAAACAUAAGCCAACCCUCUUUCUUAAAGGAUAAAAUUGUAAAAACAAUAGUAAUUACAAACAUAUUUAAUACAAAUAUCAUCUAUCUUAAUUCCCGUUAUUUUUUCAGAAGAGUCUUAUAAUUAGAGACGGAGGUAGUAUAUCAUAAGUCUCAACUCUCAACCUUCUUCUUAUGUGAUAAUCAAGAUUUUCUCAACAAAUCAACACCAUUGUCAUCUCUAUCUCCAACAUCAAUUAUAAACAUCACACCUUAGUUAAACAGCCAAAUCACAUGCCAAGUUACUUAGAAGUUAGAACCACCAUUCAACAAAGAAAUUAGGUUACUUCAAACUUGAAUGAUCCUCUUGUCCUAGUAAAAGUCCGCGUGUGUAUUGCAAAGUUCGUUAAAAGUACAUUUCGUUAAAAGUACAUUUAUAGUGAACUACUGAACUUGAUGUCGGUGAUUGCUUAUAUUUUGCAACAACAAAUUCUACACUAAAUUAAUUGAUUUAAACCUAUGAAGGACGGAUACGGACACAGACACUAGACACAAUACAGACACUGAUAUGCCGACACAACUAAUAAUUUGAAAAUAUCACAUUAUUCGGUUUAAUUACAAGUGUCGGUGUCGUGUUGGUAUCAGACACGACACGUGUCCGACACUGGGACACGCCUAAUUCGAGAAGUGUCUGUGCUUCGUACCAAGUCAUUUUUUUAAUAAAAUUACUUGUUCAUCAGGCAAACACCAAUUCUCAUACCAAUUCGCUCUCAUUAUAUGCUCAAAUUUCAAAACUCGGUUUUGGUUGAAAAUGAAAUCUUAACCGAUCAAAGUAGAAGCUAUCUCCGUAUUGUGGAUUAGUUUUUCACUAUAGAAAAAAUGAUUUUGAUAAUUAAAAACUAUUUAGAGGUUAAUUUAUUAUAUUAAAAAAAUUAAAUAUGUUUUGUGUUAGAUUAUUAUAAUGUAAACCAUUUUUUGAAAGAAAUUGUCUUCAGCACAUGAUUGGAACUCUCGAUGAACUCAUUUUGAACGCAUACAUAUAUAGUAUAUGAAUGAUUGGAUUUCAAGAGAGAACAAUUCUUGUGCACAUUUAUUCGGAUUUGAAUAAAUACACAAUUGUUUUACAAAUGAAAGAAGAUUAUUCCUAAGAUAUUUUUAAAUGGUGAAAUCUAGACGAGAAAAAAAAAAUAUUUCUCAUUUUUAUAGAUAAAUUUAGAAAAAGAUGAUAUUUUUCGUACAAAAACAUUUAUCAAGAAUUAUGGUAGUAGAAGAAAAAAGAAAUUGUCCACUAAACAUAGAUCUGUUGGUACGAAUAUUACAUAAUAUACAAAGUGGUCAAAAUUCAAAUCAAAAAUACCCCACUUAUACAAGGUUCAAAUUCCAAAAGCCCACUUAUACUUACGUUAGAUGAUUUCUAGCCACUACCAAAACUAAGUUAAAGGAAAAAAAAAUAAAAUAUUAAUUCAUGUGUUACAUUAUAUAUAUUUAAUUCAUGUGUUACAUUAUAUUUCUGUCAAAUGAGUAUCAUGACUAUCAAAAUUGUUACAACCAUUUUACCAUUUUCAACCUGGCCAACUGGAACCACUAUGCUAUGUAUGCAAUUUUUACACUUUAACAAUAGUAAAAAAAGAAGGGGAAGAGGUAGUGGCUAGAAAUGAAACAAAUCACUUCACCAUUUUGAUUUAAAUUGAACAUGUGAAUGCACAGUACAAGUGGUAAUUAGAAAACAUAACAGAUGAAACUGACAAUUCAAAAUUUAUUUCAUUUAUUUCAAAUAUAUUAUUCCAUUAAGAGUAACUACAUAACAUUGUCUCCAAAAAGAAAAAUUAAAAAUAAAACUCCAAAUAUUUUUGUCUCUAAGUAGCAACUGAAUUUACUAGGCAAUGACACCCAUUCUUUUUAUAAAGUAGACAAAAAGUCAUGUACCCAGUUAACAUGAACCACAACUACAACUUGUACUGCAACUUAUUCAUAGAUAAUUUUUAGAGGCUAGAAUUGAUUUUGAGAACCAAAAAAGUGACUUAUUCAUUGUGCUUCUUGUGGAGCUGAGGAUCAGUUUGAUAAAAGACAACAUCUCCAGUGUCACUUACAAAGUGAUCUUCAUUCAUACUUUGUAGUAAAUAUUUAAUUAGAUGAAAUGGAAGUGGUGAUGAUUUCUCUGGCUCACGGUAAUAGUCUCCAAAAAUUGGUUUUGCUGCUUUAGUCUGCAAAGGAAAAAGAUUGCAAUCAUUGUUUAAAACCACAUCGUAAGAAAUGACCAGUGACCCUGAGACGCUGGUUAAAGAACUAAAAAUAGGAUGAAGCGUGUUUAACGGUAAGUAAUUACCGCUUCAACCAAGUGAUAAUGAGGAAUUUGAGGGAAGAGAUGAUGAACAACAUGAGUGCCAAUGUCAUGAUGAAUGUUAUUAAUCCAACCAUAGUCACGAUCAACGGUUGUUAGUCCACCUCUUAGAUAGGUCCAUUCCUACCAAAAUGUACACGAGUAAUCAGACUCAACAAGAUUUGUGAUACAUAAUCACGUAAUUAUGAACAUAAAUAAUUGAUUGAUUGAAGGUACAUAAUUCAUUAUAUUUUUACCUGGCCACGGUACCAUGGUAAUUUUUGCGUAUAACCAUGGUGAUGCAAGUAUGUGACAAAAUCCAACCACAUGACAAAAAUCUGGAGUUGUACAAAAUAAGCAUAUAAUAAUCAAUUAAUGGACAUAAUAACAAUAAUUCAAUUAUAAUACAUUGUUUAGAUCAACGGUAAAUUUGGUAGAAGUAUGGUGAAACGUUCUAAAUUUAAUAAAAGAUUCAACAAAAUUAUGUUGUCCCCAUAACUUUUAAUAUGAAGCACAGCUACGACACUGACACAUCGAUACCAUAAAUAAUUUAUGAAAAUUACAUAAUUCACUGUAAUAACAAAUGUCAGUCUCGUAUCAGUGUCAGAAAAAUGUCUAACACCAGAACACGCCUAACUCGAGGAAUAUAAAAAAAAAAGGAUUUAAAAAUGAAUUUAACUUUACCCAAUAGGGAACUCCAUAGAGCUUGAGAAUUAAAAGUGGACUAGUUGUGAAGGACAAAUAAAGAAGCAAAGAAAACAUGAGAAGCCAACAAACUGUUGAAACUGUCACUUCUUUUCUCUCAUUGGGUGAGAACAAGUCGCUAUAGGGAUGAAAGUGUGACCCUGAUUUUCCAGGACUUCUACUCCACUGAAACAUUAACAUUUUCACAUUAGAAUAUGAAAAAAAAAAUUAGAUUCUACAAGUAUAUUAUCAUGAUAAGAACAAUAUUUGUAUUAUUUUAAAUAAUAAAAAAAAAACUCACCAAAUAAAUUGGAUAUGCAAACAAUGGUAAAGGCACUGAGAAUCUCACAAAUUUUGUCAUGUUGUCUAGACUGUUGUAAACCUUUUCUGUCAACUAAGAAAAUGACACAAAAUAUUAUGAACAAAACUCAUCAAAUGAAAGUUACUUCAUUUUUGCCCUUUGUUUGGGACUAAACCACCAAAACUAUGCAUAUAAUAUAAUAUAAUAACAUUAAUUAAGAACUUAGAAUAAAAUCAACAAAUCACAUACUGGAACCCAUGACUCAUCCCUUUCAACAUUUCCAUGGUUUUGAUGAUGUGUUUUGUGACUAAUUCUCCUGAAAAAUUCAUUAAAGCAAAAACUUGAAAUUUGUUAUAAUUCAAAGUAAAGUUAUUACCAUGAAACAACAAGGACAAAAAUGAUAUAAUGAACAAUAAAAAAACAAAAAUUCUAGAAACUAUUUCACUCACCAUCCAUGGUAUGGAACAAGAAUUGAGGAAUGCAAAAUAUGGCCCACAAAGUUAUUCACCAAAGAACUAUCUGAGAAGCUUCCAUGGCCACUAUUCCAAACAAAACAUCAAUGUUUACAUAAAAAAACAUAACAAAAACAAAAAACCAUAUGACAUAACAUUAACAUGAGUUAAACAAAAAACAUAAUUGAAAAAAAAAAAUUAUUUCUUACCAAUCAUGUCCAAGAACAAAAAUUGCCCAAAACAUUGUUCCUUGAAGAGGCCAAUAAAUUGGCCAAAAAUACCAGUUAUCAAACCUAAUUGCAGCUACAAUCAAUGCAGUAACAACCACCACAUCUCUAAGAACAUAACUUAGAGAUCUCCAUGUGUUCUUCACCCAACAAUGUUUUGGAAUAGCAGCUCUAAUAUCUGCUAUCUUAAAUGGUGGAGGAGCACUAGGGUCAAAUUCACUAUGGUUGUAAUUGUAGCCACCAUUGGUUACAACCAUUGUUUCUUGGCCUAGUGUUUCUCUUUUUUCAGAUAUGUGGUGAAUAGAGGUUGAUAUAGCCAUAAGAUGAAAUAUUUUUAACCUUUUGUAUGAGUAUACUACGACAGACACAUGGGGUCGUUUGUAUAUAUAAUAGAAAAAUGUUAGAGUGGUAAUAAUAGGUGCACAAGAUUUUAGUUUGACUUGUGUAAUUUUUUGUUUAUUUAUGUUGAUUUUCCUAAGAUCUAGGUGAUGUGGGAAAUGCUAAACUUGUGAAUUUAUGACGAUUUUGCAAAUUUCAAACCGUAUGAAGGUUGAAUAUUGAACCAUUGUAUCUCUUGAAAAACAUGUGCUAACAAAGAAGUGAAUUUAUGGUCGGUUAAUAUAUGGCAUAAUUAAAUUUUAUGUGCUAAUGUGAAUUUAGGGUCGGUUAUAUAUAUGGCAUAAGUUCAAUUUUGGAGGGUCAAGAAUCAUUUUAAUAGUUUUUUUUUUUGUUGAAAGAAUCAUUUUUUUAGUAUUGAUUUUAGGGUUAAUUAAGUUUUUAGUCCCUAUAAAUAUUCACAGUUUUGUUUUUAGUCCCUAUAAAAUAAAAUCACAUUUUUUAGUCCCUAUAAAAUUUUCCAGCAGCAUUUUUAGUCCCUAUAAAUUUUUCUAUCAGCACUUUCAGUCCCUGUCAAAAAUUUUUAUCAACAAUUUUGGUCUCUAAAAUGCUUAAGAAAAAUGUCACAAGAACUAAAAAGUGUGAUUUUAUUUUGUAGGAACUAAAAACAAAACUGUGAAUAUUUAUGGGGACUAAAAACUUAAUUAACCCUUGAUUUUAUCAUUGUAAAAAAAAAAAAAAUUUUAUCAUGUGCGGAUGAUUUAAAAGAUAUUACAAUUGCUUGGUGCUUAUAAUUAUAAUAACUUAACUGCAGUUAAUGUUGAUUUUAAUUUGGGUUUUAAUCUUGUGUUAUGGAUCAAGGCAAUUUCUCUCAAAGUUAACAUUUUUAUAUAAGUUUGUUGUUAAAUCGAAUUUCUGCAAAGGACAAUUUAUUUAGAAGGCAUAUCUUACCUAAUAAUGAUAUUUUUUGCUCGGUUGCUUGUAGUUGUGCGGAAGUCAGAGACCACUUGUUCUUCCCGUGUGAUGUUUAUGGUCGUCUUUGAAAUCUUAAUUAUGAUUGGUUAAGUUUUUACUUUGCUCCUCCUAAAAAUUUACUUGAUCAUCUUCUUCAAUUUGAGAGUUAGGGGGUUUCUCUAAAAAGUUUUAUGUGGCUUUCAACAUUAUUUGAACCUUUGCCAUUUAUGUCAUUUGGGAUUGGAAUGAACUAAACAAAAUAAUCUUUAAUCGUAAGGUGUGGCUUUCAACAUUAUUUGAACCUUUGUCAUUUAUGUCAUUUGAAAUUGGAAGGAACGAAACAAAAGGAUCUUUAAUUGUAAGGCUGAAAUUCUUACUUCUUUAACUUAAAAAAAUUAAGAUUCAGACAUAUUGGUGGUUAAAAUCUUUUUAUGAUUUGUUUUAUUUUGAUUAGAUAACUUGGAGGUUAAAUCCUUUGAUGUGUAUAAAGGUGCUCUUCUAAUUAACUUGUGUUUGUACCCUUUUUCAAUUGUAAUUCCCUGGACAUGUAGUUUCUCUAGUACGUACACCUUGUGUCGGAAGGACUAUUUUUGAUUGUUUAAUAUAUAUUUUCUUAGCCUUUACGGAAAAAAAAAGACAAAAUUUUCGUAAUAAAAUAAUGGACUUAGUAAGGACAAAAAAAAAAAAACUUUUUAUUGAGAUGUCAUUUGAUAUAGUGACUUAAUUAAUAUAUUUUUAUUGCGAACUGAAUAGUUAUUAUAUCAAAAUAGGGAUAUCAUAUAAAAGGUACCAGUUGUCUUGGUUCCAAUAUUAAGAAAUUUUUUUGAGAAAAUUAUUAUUUUUUGCUACAAAAGUAUUAUACAUUUAAUUAUUUUUUGCUACCAAAGUAGUAUACAUUUAAAUUGUCGAAUUAAAAGUAGUAUAUAUUUAAUGUAGAUUGUAACUAGAAAAGGAUUUAUUUUAUUUCAAAAAAUGCUUAUAAUUGUAUUUGCAUACACUGAUACAUUCUUUAGUAUAUCUAAUUUUUAAUUAUCAUUAUUAUUACUACUAUUUUUGAAAACUUAAUUUGAUUGGCUUUUAGUAAAAAAAAAUGUAUUUUGACACAAAUAAUAAUAAUUAUAUACAUAUCGUUCUUCUCUCAAAAAAAAAAAAAUAUAUAUAUAUAUAUAAAUGUUGUUCUUUUUUUUAUUAAAGGGAAAUAGAAAGACAAGAGAUAAGAAAAUUAGUUAACUCAUUGCCUCAAAUUAGUUGUUGGGUAUAGGUUGUUGAUGAGAAUUCGUGAAUUGGGUGAUAAUAAAUGUGUUGUUGUGGUUAAGUUGUUGUGUUUUAUGACUUUUGUGAAAAUGGGUUAAAAAUGGAGAAGUUUGAUUUUGAUGAGUUUGAGUGAGUUAGUAGAGUUGUCGUGAUGAAUUGAAUUGAGGAGAAUUUCUGUUUUCAAUCAAUGUAUUUUAGUGAGGAAUCGUUUGGGAGAAAAUCGAAUUUUUGUGUCAAAAAUUGUUUUAAGCACUUUUGAAAAAUAAGUCAUUUUUAGCUUAUUUGAAUUAAGUUGUUUUGAGUUACAAAACCAUGUUUUCAAGUAUAGUUUGAGUGGUCUAAGUGUUUGGGACACGUUGGCGAAAACGGAUCAAAAAUCGGGUUUUACGCGCGAAAAAUGAAAAAUCAAAAAAAUUGCACCAGAUAAGGUGGCAUGACCAUGCGCCCUGUGGCACAUCCGUGCCAACCCCUUUGUGUCCGGAAACCCCGAUUUUCGUGUUUUUGAGUACUUUUAAGUAUAUCAAUGGUUCCCAAACACCAAAACCUAUUUAAAUGGUAUGUAAUUGGACUUCUAAGAGUGGUUUAUCAUAGCUCCAAGUUAGGAAUGAAUUGGUUUGAAAAAUGAGGUAAAAAUGAGACGAACUUUGAGAAUUAUGCGAAAUAAAUGAACUUUGUGAAACCAAAAUGAUAUGAUUGAUUACACUAUGUGUUAUAUGAUAUGUAUGGAUGUUUUGAUGAUACGUAAGAACGAGGGAACCUAUUUUUGUUGAGGGAAAUUGGAAAUAGACGAUUUUAUGAAAAUAGACGAACUUCGUCAAAAUGGGGUUUUAUGAUCAGAUAACUUGCAAAUUACUUUGUGAACAUGAUAACCAGAUGAAAUAAGAGUGAGCCAAUGUUUGUGGAUGUUAAAUAGGUGGGUUAUCAUUAUGUGGUCGAUGGUACGUCUUUUGUGUGAUUAUACUAUAUGAAACAAUGUUGUUUCUUUGUGAUGAUGAUUACUUGACAGUUGUUUAUUAUUGUUAAAUAUGAAUAUGCAGAGAUGAAUGCUUGAUGAUGAAAGUGUAGAGAUGAUUUAUUAUUUGAUAAAUGCUUGAUGUGUGGAUGUAUUGUUUGAUAAUUCAAUAUGUGGAGAUAUGCGGAGAAUAUGUAGAGUAAAUUGGUGCUGUGUAUUAUCGAGUCAAUACUUGGCAUCCAUGCAUUCAUAAGUCUUAUAUGUGGAGAUACGUAGAGAUAUGCAUAGAUAUGUAGAGGGAUCAAUCGGUAAAACCUACCUUCGACAUCCAAUGGUAUCACAUGCAUGUAGAGUCGAGUCUAGAACAUCGCAUGCAUAUAAAAUGUGUGAAAUGUGCCAUAUUUAAUUACUUGACUUGGUGAAUUAUGUGGGCUAUGUGAUUGAUGAAUGUUGAUAUAUAUGGAGUUGUGGACUUGUAUAUUUUGUAUUGAUAUGCUUGAGAAAUAUUGUCGAUGCGAUAAUUCAUUUGGAAUCUCGAUUAAUAUUUAUUUGAUUAUGUUUAUUAUGUGGAAUAUAAUAUAACCUCAGUGGUCGUUUGGUUGACCGUCUGCCUAUUUGUACGAAUGUUAUUGAUCCAUAUAAAUAUAUAAAAUUUUUGUUUUAGUUUCUUUUAAAAAAAAUCUUCAACUUAGUCCUCCAAAUUUUUCGCAUCAACCCUUUUGGUCCCUCUUUUUAUUUUUGAAUAUUCCUGAUCCUUCUUUUAAGUCAACUCAUAUGUAGACAUCAUAUUUUUGAAUGAAACUUGACAAGAAUAUUAUAAUAAUGUCUCCCAAAAAAUAGAUUUAUUUUAGCAAAACAUGAAUAUUUAUGUUUUUUACACUUAAAUAUUUAUGUUUUGUUAAAAAGUUCUAUUUUUUUAAAGAGCUUAUUAUAAUAUUUUACACAUUUUUGAACAAUUUCGUUCAAAAAUAAAAAAGGUAACACAUGAGUUUAUUUAAAAGUAAAAACAAAAAGCGGUGAUCUUGACAAAAAAAAAAAAAAGCAGUGAUGAAGUUUUUUUGAAGACUAAAAGUCAAAUUUUUCUGGAGAAAUUAAUUAAAACGAAAAAUUAAUAUAUUUACAACAACCAAAACCAUAUUUAACCUUUUGUUAUAAUGACUCACUCUUUGAUGGAAGCAGAGAGCAAUGUUAUCCAUGACUCUUUGGCGCAACCAUAUUUAUGAUAAAUUAAUAAUGAAUGUUUUUGUAGUUGAAUUGGUAAUGAAAUACCGCAUAUUCUCUUUGAUUUAGGUUCAACUUUUGACUCUAACAAAACAUAAAUUUUAUUUAUCUAUAUGUAACUUUUUUAUUGUAUUUUUUUUACAGGAACUUUUUUACUGUAAAAAGGCUUACUAUAGAAGUUGUUUAAGGCCUCUAAUAUUGUUUGACUUGGGCAGGCAAAUGCAUAAGGAAGUGCAUAAGCAAAGUAGUGCACGUAAUUCUUAUGAGUAAAGGCAUAAGGAAGUGCAUGCAUGAGCAAAGUGGUAUACACGUAACCCUUAUAUAUCAUGAGCAAACACAUAUAAGGCAUGUUCUUGGAUGUUCUUGGCAUGAUGGAUUGGGUUUUGCCAAGUAAAGUGGUGAUGGAGUGCAUUUUUUAUUCACGUUUUUUCAAUGGAAUGGAUGAUGUGCAUUCUCUCUUACACGUAAUUUCAAUAGAGUGAUACUUUUAGGAUAAUUUUGAUGUAUUUUGUUGCCACAAUUUUGAGUAAUGCUUGAGUUAUUAUUCCUUAGAAUAAUUUUUCAAAGCACUCUAAAAGGAGAUCAUCUUGCUAUUAAAACAUAGGAAAAUGAACAUAUGACUAUGAUAGAAGCGUGAAAAAUCACUUUUAUGGAAAGGUUGGUCGUCUUAUGAAACUUAACGAUUUGUGUGCUAAGUUGGUUGCGUUAUGGAAGCUUUUGAAAGAAAAAAAAAAUGAGGAAAUGUUUCUUGAGUAUUGCUGUUGACACAUUUGAUUUGACUGAGAAACACGAGUAAAUUACUCAAAUGCCCUUCGGCAGUUAACUGCCGAAAUUUUAAAGAACCGGCUGCAGUUAACUGUCGAGGAAAACUUCGGCAGUUAACUGCCGAGGAAUUUCAAACCUGAAAUUAAAUAAGGAAAUAUACCAAAAUUUUCUUUAAUUAAAUUUAAUUCUUUAAUCCUUUUAAGGAAUUAAACAUAAUUAUUUUUAUGAUUUCAUUCAUAUGAUUUUGUUGUCAUAAAUGAAAAAAUAUGAGAGAUGAAUAAUAUCAGCAAUCGGUAGUUAAUGGAUCUAAAAUGAUGAUUCAAUAAAAAAAAAUGCAACAACAAAAAACAUUAUAAAUGAUAGAAUAAUUAUAUUUGUAAUUAAUUUCAUUGAUGUCUGUCAUUAUUCAUAGGUUUGACUAACCUAUUAUUACCCCAAUUUUUUUUUUUUUGAAAGACCCCCAAAUUUUGUUUUAAUUGUUGGACUUCAAACCUCACAUUUUUUAAAUUAAACGUUAACUUCAAAUUCAUUUAGCAAUUUCCAUCCUUAAAAAUUACCUCACGUCACAUUUUAUUUUAUUUUUUAAUAAUGUAAUAAAUCUGGUAUUUUAAUUUAUUAAAUAAAAACAUAAUUAAAAUUUUACAAAUAAAAUGAUUUACAAAAACCCAAAUCAAUACCAGUCAAAAAGAACGAGAAUAAUUUUCAUUUAUGUCAAAUUACAUUUUUGAUCUAUUAACUAUUUAUUUAAGUAAUAUUGUUUUAGUCCCUUAAUUAAAAUUUAAUUUAGCCUUUCAUUUAUCACUACAUGCUUCAUUCAGAAUUUUCAUUACCAGUCACCAUCCCCUUAUCAACAACACAAUCCUUAUCUCAAACCUUCAUUGCAAAACCCAAAACCCACAUACAAGUGAUAAAGUAGAAGAAGAAAAAAAAUGGAAAAAAUUCAUAUUUUCAUACCCAAUAAAUCAAUAACUCCAUUAUCAUUCCCCAAUAAACCCACCAAAUUUGAUUGCAUUUCUUCAAAAAGGGUCAAUGCAAAUUCCAACAAUGUCUCAACAACCAAACCUUCAAUUCGAAAAUUAAUUGAUUCCCAAUUGAACCAAUUAUGCAUUAAUGGCUCCCUUAGUGAAGCUGUGACAAUUCUUGAUUCCCUUGCUGAGCAAGGGUGUAGGGUGAAACCCAUUACUUAUAUGAAUUUGUUACAGUCAUGCAUUGAUAAAGAUUGUAUUUUUAUUGGUAAGGAAUUGCAUUCUAGAAUUGGGUUGGUUGAAAAUGUGAACCCUUUUGUGGAGACUAAGUUGGUUAGUAUGUAUGCGAAAUGUGGGUUGUUGGGUAUGGCGCGGAAGGUGUUUAAUGAAAUGUCUGUGAGGAAUUUGUUUACUUGGUCUGCUAUGAUUGGUGGUUGUUCGAGGAAUAAGAGUUGGGGGGAGGUUGUGGGUUUGUUUUAUGCAAUGAUGAGGGAUGGUGUUUUGCCGGAUGAGUUUUUGCUUCCGAAGGUUUUGCAGGCGUGUGGGAAGUGUAGGGAUUUGGAGACUGGGAGGUUGAUACAUUCGAUGGUGAUUAGACGUGGAAUGCGGUGGUCGAAGCAUUUGCGUAAUUCGAUUAUGGCUGUGUAUGCUAAGUGUGGGGAGAUGGAUUGUGCGAAGAAGAUUUUUGAUUGUAUGGAUGAGAGGGAUAGUGUUGCGUGGAAUGCGAUGAUAUCUGGGUUUUGUCAGAAUGGUGAGAUUGGACAAGCUCAGAAGUAUUUUGAUGCUAUGCAGAAAGAUGGAGUUGAACCUAGUUUGGUAACUUGGAAUAUUUUGAUUUCUUGUUAUAAUCAGUUAGGGCAUUGUGAUCUUGCAAUUGAUUUAAUGAGAAAGAUGGAGUGGUUUGGUAUUGCUCCAGAUGUAUAUACUUGGACUUCGAUGAUUUCUGGAUUUACUCAAAAGGGUAGGAUAAGUCAUGCUUUAGAUUUGUUGAAAGAGAUGUUUUUAGCUGGUGUUGAGGCCAAUAACAUUACAAUUGCAAGUGCUGCCUCAGCAUGUGCAGCCUUAAAAUCAUUGAGUAUGGGAUUAGAAAUACAUUCUAUUGCUGUUAAGAUGAAUUUGGUCGACAAUGUAUUAGUUGGUAAUUCACUGAUUGACAUGUAUUGCAAGUGUGGUGAUCUUAAAGCUGCUCAACACAUUUUUGAUAUGAUGUCAGAGAGAGAUGUAUAUUCUUGGAACUCAAUUAUUGGAGGGUAUUUCCAAGCUGGUUUCUGUGGCAAAGCUCAUGAAUUAUUUAUGAAAAUGCAGGAGUCUGAUUCACCACCCAAUAUUAUUACAUGGAAUAUAAUGAUCACAGGAUAUAUGCAGAGUGGUGCCGAGGAUCAGGCGUUGGAUCUUUUUAAAAGCAUUGAGAAAGAUGGGAAAACUAAGCGAAAUGCAGCUUCUUGGAAUUCUCUGAUAUCUGGUUUCGUACAAAGUGGACAAAAGGACAAGGCUUUACAGAUAUUCCGGAACAUGCAGUUUUGCCACAUACUUCCCAACUCGGUCACAAUACUAAGUAUCCUUCCGGUCUGUGCAAAUUUAGUGGCUAGCAAGAAAGUGAAAGAAAUCCAUUGUUUUGCAGUCCGUAGAAUUUUAGUGUCUGAACUUUCCGUAUCAAAUUUAUUAAUCGAUAGUUAUGCCAAGUCAGGAAAUUUAAUGUACUCGAAAAAUAUUUUUAAUGAAUUGUCAUGGAAAGAUGCUGUCAGUUGGAACUCUAUGCUUUCAAGUUAUGUUUUACAUGGCUGUUCAGAGUCUGCACUUGAUCUUUUUUAUCAAAUGAGGAAGCAAGGGCUUCAACCAAAUAGAGGUACUUUCGCAAGUAUUCUCUUAGCUUAUGGUCAUGCUGGAAUGGUGGAUGAGGGGAAGAGCGUUUUCUCCUGCAUAACUAAAGAUUACCUGGUUAGGCAAGGUAUGGAACAUUAUUCUGCUAUGGUCUAUUUGCUCGGUCGUUCAGGUAAGCUUGCUGAAGCACUCGACUUCAUUCAAAGUAUGCCCAUCGAACCUAAUUCCUCUGUAUGGGGUGCCUUGCUGACCGCCUGCAGAAUUCAUAGAAAUUUCGGAGUGGCAGUCCUUGCAGGAAAGCGUAUGCUUGAGUUUGAACCUGGAAAUAAUAUAACUCGACAUUUACUUUCACAGGCAUAUUCUUUAUGUGGGAAGUUUGAGCCGGAGGGAGAAAAGGCUGUCAAUAAACCUAUUGGUCAAUCCUGGAUUGAAAGGAAUAAUGUUGUUCAUACUUUUGUAGUUGGUGACCAAUCAAACCCGUAUUUGGAUAAGCUACAUUCUUGGCUAAAAAGGGUAGCUGUAAAUGUCAAGACACAUGUUUCUGACAAUGAACUUUACAUUGAGGAAGAGGAGAAGGAAAACACUAGUAGUGUACAUAGUGAAAAACUUGCAUUUGCUUUUGCUCUGAUAGAUCCUCACAACAAACCUCAAAUUUUACGGAUAGUAAAAAAAUUGAGAAUGUGUAGAGAUUGCCAUGACACAGCCAAGUACAUAUCAAUGGCAUAUGGGUGUGAAAUAUAUUUAAGUGAUUCAAAUUGCUUACACCAUUUCAAAGGUGGCCAUUGUUCUUGUAGGGACUAUUGGUAGAGCAAAUGUUGUGUGAGAGAAUCAAUGAUGUCAGAAAUAUGUAAAUCUGUCUUGAUGUAUAGUUGUUCAUGACGUACACAAACCUUUUGAAGAAUUGAUAGUUUAUAAUAUUAACCUUUCACGCAACUGAAAUUUUUGGCUUCCCUUUUUCACAUAAUGUAUCAGGUUAAACUGUAUAGAAUUUCAUUUGAUUAUUAUUCCAGGAUUUUGAAAUGCUUUUCAGGUGAAAAGAUUUGCAUGUAUGUCCUGUUAGCAAUUUCCAUCAAGAAGAUAUAUUAAAAAAAUUAAUGAAAUCAAUCAUUGUAAUAAUUUCAAAGAUGAUUAUAGAAUAAUGAUGGGAAAUAUAGUGGAGCUAUAAAAUAUUGGUAGAAUCAAAACUGUCCCACGAAUAAGCAUCCAUGAAUCAAAAGUGUCAGCCACCUUAUAAAAGCUGCACUAGGCAGUGAGUGCAUGCAGAAGCAAAAGAGUGAGGGCUCUUGGCUAAAUUCUUCUAAAAUAUUUGUUCCUUUUCUCCAGUCAUUUAUUUCUUUUACUAAAAUUGAGGGAAUAGCCCGUGGAAAGGAAAUGUUAGCUCCUUGACCAUAAAAAGUGCACGAAACUUUCUUAAUAAAAGAAAAAAACUGAUUUCUGUUUGGAAUCUGAUUCUCUGACUUUCAAUUCUUUCCCUCCAUGGUGGAACCAGAAUUAGCUUCUUCUAACAGUUUCUUAUCAUUAUUAUUUUCUAUAAAAAGCUCCUUGCCACAAACCAACUUUCUGCUUCCAUAAAUUCCUCUUAAGCCUUCCCCUGCUACAUCAUUAUUAGCACUUGCAACUGCAUUUUUCUUUCUAAGGUCUAUCAUUCUCUUCCUACAAGCAGAGGAUGGUAGUGCACUCUUACAAUAUCUUAUGACACAUUGCAUACAUAACCUUAUAGGUGAUGUUCAUUAACUAUCUUUUCACUUUUUAACACCUUUGCAUGAUGUUUUGCAUGCAGAGUUCUGUGGAUUCCAUAAAGAAACCUGCAUCUGUUGGGCCAUGGGGCGGCAAUGGAGGGUCCCGUUGGGAUGAUGGAAUAUACUCUGGAGUAAGGCAGUUGGUGGUAGUUCACGGAACUGGAAUUGACUCCAUCCAGAUUGAAUAUGAUAAGAAAGGAAGCUCUAUUUGGUCAGAGAAACAUGGUGGAACUGGAGGAAAUAAAACUGACAAGGUAAAGUUUUCAUCUUGUACUAAGCUGAUCCUAUGACAUAAAUUUUUAACAUUAGCACCAAAGAGUCCGUGAAGGUUUCAGUUAAAUUAUGAGCAUAUAUUAACUAACCACUUUUGACUGUGUUGUAGGUUAAACUUGAUUAUCCAGAUGAGUUCUUAACUUCAGUUCACGGAUACUAUGGUAGCUUGAACCAAUGGGGCCACAACUUGGUUCGGUCACUGAGUUUUGAGAGUAACAAGAAAACUUAUGGACCAUUUGGUGUCGAGCAAGGCACAUAUUUUUCAGUACCAAUGACUGGGGCCAAGAUUGUUGGGUUCCAUGGCAGGUGUGGUUGGUACCUAGAUGCCAUUGGAGUAUAUAUGAAGUCCUUGAAGCAACCAAAUCCAGCGAAAGCCUUGCAUCAUUCUGAUCACGUUAAUAACACUAGUGAGAAUUUUGGCUAUUCAGUGAUACAAGGAACUGUGAACCAGAAUUAUGAUAUUGUUCUUGCCGUAAGACAGAAAGAUCAUAAAGAUGAUUUCGGUAAGCCUAUACCAAACAAGAUGCCAGGGAAGAUUUCUACUAUCAAAGAAUCUAAAAACAUUGAACACAAAGAAAAGGUAAAGAUAUCCUGCAACUUUAGUGGAUGAUCUCUGUCUUUGAAGUGCUCCUGAAGUUUUUAUUUAAAUGUAAAAAAUCUUGCUUUUACACAAAAUGGAUCUUAAAAUCUAUUUAUGUUGCAGAUAACUCAUUCAGAAAUUCCACCCGCAAAGGUUGGUGGUGUAGUUACAUGCGGUCCUUGGGGUGGCGUUGGCGGAUAUGCAUUUGACGAUGGGACCUAUAAAGGAAUCAGGCAAAUCAAUUUAUCGCGCAAUGUUGGAAUUGUAUGGAUUAGAGUUAUGUAUGAUCAUGAUGGGGAUGCCAUAUGGGGAUGCAAACAAGGUGGGACAGGAGGAUAUAAAAGUGAUAAGGUAAAUCAAGAGCAUACAACCAAACUUCGCUUAUUUUACUUAAUAAUCUAAAACAAUCACAUUGAAUUUUAGCAUUUUUUGCAUCACUUUGCAGAUAGUCUUUGAUUUCCCAUAUGAAGUCUUGACAUAUAUAUCGGGAUACCAUGGACCUUUGAUGUACAUGGGACCUGCUGUUAUAAGAUCACUAACUUUCCACACCACAAAAAGGAAGUAUGGACCAUUUGGGGAAGAACAAGGAACUUAUUUCACCACAAAGGUGAAAGAAGGUAAAAUCGUCGGCAUUCAUGGGAGAAAAGGUUUGUUUCUCGAUGCUUUUGGUGUACAUGUGCUUGAAGGAAAAGUGGUUGUGCCGGUGGCAAUGCCUCCGAAGGAAAUCAUCCCUAGAGAAACAAAUAUUGGUGAAAUAGGCGGUACUCAAUGGCCUAACAAACUGGUGCUUGCUAAGCCAACAGCAGCUGAAGAGGUAUUUCUUUUCAUAAUAAACUUUUCGAAGAUAUAUUGAAGACAUUCAAGAAUUUGGUUAUCUUUAUGUUUGAGUUGUCCUUUUCACUUUAGUUCCCUCUUUCCCAGGUUUCUUGUGGUGUGGUCAAAGAACCAGCUCCAUGUGGCCCAGGCCCUUGGGGUGGGGAUGGAGGUAGACCUUGGGAUGAUGGAGUCUUUUCUGCGAUUAAGCAGAUUUAUUUGACAAAAGUAUCAGAUGGCAUCUGCUCUAUCCAAAUUGAGUAUGAUCGAAACAGGCAAUCUGUGUGGUCUAUAAAACACGGCGGUAAUGGAGGAGACACCAUGCAUAGGGUAUGAUUGUUGGUUUCCACUUCCUUUAAGCACAUUUUACUGUUUCACUCUUGGUUCAUUAUUUAUCCAUUGUCAUCGAAUUAGUUAAAUUAUAAAUAGAAUUUAUCUGAAAUUUGAUGUGCUUGAUCAUAAUAUGACGAUAUUCAACGGUUGGAUUGGUAAGUUCAAUGUCUAAACUGAUUUAUUAAGCAGAGUAACAAGAGUUACUCCUAGAGUAAGUUGAUUCCCACCCAAAGUACAUAUAGACAUAUAUGUAUUUAUACAUGCAUGCAUACAUUGAUAAAAAAAAUUCAAGCAUGCAUACAUUGAUAAAAAAAAUUCAAGCAUGCAUACGUAGAUAUGUAUGUAUGAAAUAAUAAGCUAAUAUGUAUGUAAUAUGUGUAUGUACUAAUACAAAAUGUAUUUCUUAUACUUACUCGUGCUAAUUAUGAUGUUAGAUACAACUGGAGUUUCCACAUGAGGUAUUGACUUGUAUAUCUGGCUAUUAUGGGUCAAUCACAAAGGAUGAGAAGCAUACAGUCAUAAAAUCACUGACAUUCCACACCAGCCGCGGUCAGUAUGGUCCAUAUGGUGAGGAAGUAGGGAAAUUCUUCACCUCAACCACUACAGAGGGAAAGGUGGUGGGUUUCCAUGGGAGGAGUAGCUUGUACUUGGAUGCUAUUGGGAUCCACAUGCAACACUGGCUUGGAAGUCAGAAAACUUCAAGGUCCUCCCUUUUCAAGCUAUUUUGAGUUUCUGAUCCGCAGUGCUUGAACAAAACAUCAGUUUGGCAUUUGGAGAAGUGUUGCAAGGAGUUUCAAAUUUUAGUGUAAUCUGAAUAAGCAGAAUGUAAUCAGGUGAGAGCAUGAUUACCUGUAUACUCUGAAUAAUUGUUUGGUGGGGUUUUCUGAUCAACAUAAUAAUUUUCUUUACGAGAAUGAAUAAUGUAAUUUGUUUGUUGAUUUCUUACACUUCAAGGUAUGAUUUAAGAUUUCAAUUUUUGCAGUUCUUCUGAUAUAAAUACCUCCACCCUCUCUUUCUCUAUAGCUAACAAGUAUGACAACAAAGGAUAAAAUAAAGUCAAACUAUUUUUUUUUUGUUGACAAAAAGUCAAACUAAAUAGUCUCACAAAUAUUUAUGCCAUUAAUUAAACUCAAAUAAGGCAAUUCAAACCAGGCUUGGGUGGACUAAAAGCUUGUUCUCAAACACAUACUGAAUGCGGUGGAACUAAAUACCCACGGAACAAAUAGUAUACCAACUAUAUAUAAUGUGUCUUGUGUCAUCAGCAAAUGGCUACUUACUACAGUUGCAAAGACCCAAUUCUGCGCGCCAUUAACAAGAUUUUACAUUGGUUGUCCACCCUCUAAACAAAUCUAGGAUGGUAAUUAAUUAAGUAAAAAGAACAAUAUAUAUAUUUUUUUUUUAAGAAGGUAAAGUACUCCACCAAAAUUGACACCUGGAAGAAUCGAAUUGAGAUCUUGAGAAGAGCAUACUCCAAAGUCGUACAAGUGGAAUAAUAAUACAAUUGUUUUAAGGUAAAAACUAUAUAUACAAAGUGAUUAGUAGUCAACACAGAAAUUAACAAACUAAUAGUUUUAUCAACAGAAAGAAAAAAGACAAACUAAUCAACAACUUAUCUUCUACUUGUUGCAUUUACUAAUAACUCAAUGUUCUACUUUCACAAUAACAAACUUCAUUAACUUGCAUGUAUAGAAAUUGCAAUAUGAGUGGUAAAUCUUUAUAUCCAAAAUUGGAGUGAGGCAGGGAGAACUAAAAAAAAUGUUAACAAGAAACAGUGCUAAUUGAAUUAGACCACAAAUAUGAGCUAAGCAGAUUUCCUCAACAUCAAGGGAGGUGAAACAGACUUCAUUCCAUGUUUUUGAACUGUUUGCUUUGGUAGCACCAGCAGAAGCACCUUGGAAUUGUUCAAACUUCACAAUAAAAUCACUGCUAACUUAGCCCUGUCAGAAAUAAAAGCAUAUACAAAUUUUGCAGCAUGACAGAAUUCUUAAUCGUACAAGCCGUCUCCAUUCCAACCUAUUUAUGUAAUCCAUUACCCUUGAAGGAUCUUCCUUCAAUGCAGUAAGAAUCAGCCAACUUAGCAGAUUGAAGUUUCAAACUAAAAGCAGAAUUAUGUAGCAAUAUCUUUUGGAGAAGCUCAAUCAACUCAUAGGAAAGAUCAGCAAUCAUAAGAACUUUCAGGAAAAGGAGUGGACAUAUAACUAGAUCAAUCAAAUGCCUCCUAAACUCAUAGUUGGGAUUUAGGACCUUCUCACAGAUAUCAGCAGCAUCCAUACGUCCAACAAUUUAUCUGAUACAAACAUAACGAAAUAACAUGAGUGUCCUAGAUUAGCAUUAUAAAAUACAAUGACACCUUCCUAAUUAAGAGUUGUAUACACACCUGGUUUGUAGCUUGAGCAACGGAUUUUUAUUGGUAACGUGCUCAGCAUCACAAUGCACCAUUUGGUAAGCAACAAUGGCAAAUGUAGGGCCCCAUUUCUCACAAUAUUUACCAACAAUACGAGAAUCAUAAUAUUGGUUGGUUAUGAGUAAAUGGUUAAGAUUGACAUCGAUGUCAAUCAUAAUUUUACCCACAUCAUUACAGACAUGUACAUCUUGGCUUUGCUCACUCAAAAGAAGUUCCAACAACUGUGAAUGCAUAGAAAUUGAAAUGAGAAAAUAGUAGUGUGAUAAGCAUAUGCAAGGAAGAGAGAAUGAACUGAAAGUAUAAGACCUUUAAGAACACAUGCAUCUGUGCAUCUGGAAGAUUAGCCUUCAUUAUAAAGUUCUUUGUCUUCUCGAUAAAAUUUUGAUUCCCAGUAUUAGCAGUUGCUUCAAUGUAUUUGAAGUGAAUAUCAGGAUCCUCACUAAAGAAUACAAAAUCAAAAGGCAAAAUUAUAAAAACGAAAAACAACUGCAAAUGCAAUAUAGGCCUAGAGUUUAAAUAUGCACCCAAACAAAGUGUAGUCCCUUAUAGGACCUGAAUUCUUCAAAGAGUUUCAUGAAUGCAUCAACACCCAAUUGCUCAGUAAUAUUUUUAGAAGUAUGCAAAUUAUGUACCAGUAAAAUUCUUUGAUGAAAUCCCAAAAAAAAAAAAUUAAUUGAGAAACAAAAGUUUUAUAGAAACAACAUACAAGCUCUAGAACAUUAUCUGAACAAUUAUUUGAAUAUUGUCCCUAAGAGGUUGCAAAGAACUCAACAAAAUCCUAAAAAUCACUCCAUGAUGAGAAUAUAUAACAAUUUUUUUUAUGAAAACCAGUCAAUUGAGCACUUGAAACUAGACAAGCCAUUAUAACGUUGUACAAAAGACAUACAAGAAGCUUGAAAGGAAUUGUUCGAAUAAAGAAUCAAAGAACCUGAAGAGCCUUUUCACAAAGUUAAGCAAACAAAAAGAGAUAUUCAUAAAAUGUUCGCCUAUUUUGAUUUUUACUUUGAUGAGAGUAAAUGUUCACUUAUUAAAUAGAUAAGAAGUAAGAAAAUGAAAUAAAAUAAAAUCAUCGAAACUUACCUAUGGAAGACAAAAGAGAAACUAACACGACAGCUAUAAAAUAGUGAAAAGAACGAGUGGCAUAUCCUGCAAACACAUUACAAUAGAUUGUUAAUGUAAUAUGAGAAACAUAAUCAAAAGGAUGGCGGGAGAAUAAAGAGCCUACCAGUUUAAGUGGAGAUGUGACAAACCGUUAGGAGCAACAAACAAAGGGAACUUCAAUGUUGAUGGAAGCAGAUAAGAGUAAACAAGCUAAAUCAAUGCUCUUCAAAUGCCUAUACUUAAUUUUCAGAAACAAAAGAUGGAUACUUCCCGAAUAUGUGCUAUCUUGUCCCAGUUCUCCCCUGUUCCCUCCUUGCAUCGUUCCUUCAAUAUUGGGCAACCGAAAAUUGUCAGCAAAUCAAGUGAAGUGAGGUGUCUAAUACCUUCUAGCAAGCAUUUUAAUCUUUCACAACCACCAAUUGUUAUUUUUCGUAGGGAUUGUAGACCUCCCCAAAUUUCCUCUGGUAAAGGCUCAAGCUCGCUGCAACAAGAGAUAUUUAGAUGCUCCAAAGCUAGACUGAAGGGUUCAUUUGGUAACUCUUUCAAUUUUCGGAAACCACUUACUCUCAAAUAUUCAAGACAAGUAAGGUUUCUAAACAUCCCCUUUGGGAAGGAGGUUAUUCCUUCACUUCUCUCAAGGUCAAGGGAAGUAAGACCAUAGAAGCUAGAGAUCGACCUCAGUAACUCAUUGUUACAUUCAUUUACAUAAAGGUUUUUAACAUAUGGAAGACAUGACAGUUGAAGUUUAGGGUAAAAGGCGAUAUCCAAUUGAAAAAGACAAGGAAACAUCUCCUCUCUUUCCACUUUCAAGUUUCAACAACCCCUCUAAGUUUGGUAAAUCAUUUAAUACCUCCAAAUAUGGGAAAAUCCUCACCUCCAUACCAUUGUGAGAUUCAUCAUCACCAUCAUCGUUCCAAAAUCCUCACCUCCAUACCAGAGCUCAACAACAUCACCGAUUCUGGCUGUUGAUAUAUUAUCUGAUUGAAAUGCCGACUAAAUAUUUUAUACAAGAAAGGGCAAUCACCUGUAUAUUUUCAAGAAUAACUAUAUUUAAAAUGAAACCAACCAAUUGAUGUAAAAUUAUUAUCGGAAUUGAAGAUCUAUACCAUAUCUAUUCCAGCAUCCAUGAGAGUGGAGACGCGAGAAUGAUAAUCUGACGCAUAAGGUUGGCAUAAUAAUCGAUUUUGUCCCAGUCAAAAAUCAUAAGGUUCACAUAAAUCAAUGCUCUUAAAAAAUGUAUUCUUCUUCAUUCCAGUAAACAAAUUUUGGAAUGUCUGUUAUCUUGUCCCAUUCCUCUCUUGUUCUCUUCUAACACUGACCCUUUCAUUUUGGGUAACCAGGAAUAUUCAAAAACUCAAGUGAGGCGUCUAAUACCUUCCGGCAAGGAUCUUAAUUCCUCAUACUCAACAAUAUCCAUAGUUCGAAGAGAAAAAUAAAUGGCACCUGUUCAGUUCCACAGGAAAAGGCUCUCUGUUAGUGAAAUGGCUAAUGCUAAUCUGCUAUAAUAUAUGGAGUUAAAAGAUGCCAAAUUCACUUUGUUAUCAAAUAAAACUGUUGAUUUCUCAUUCGUAUCCUCCGAAGUCAUUCGUUUCCUCUUGCUUUCAGAAAAAGCAGUGGACAUAACUUGAUCAAUUAACAUUGUUUGACACAAAAAUAGUCGGGAUUCAGCAGCAUUCCGGACGUUCCACAACAUAUCUGACACAAACAUAAUAAAAUAACAUGAGCGACUCGACUAGAAUCAUGAAAUAAAACUACACAUUCCUAAUGAAGAGCUGUAUACACACCUGACUUGUAGCUUGAACUAAGAAUUUUUAUUUUUAUUGGUAACACAUGCUCAGCAUCACAUUGCAAAAUUUGGUAAGCAACAAUGACAAUGGCCCCAGUUCUCCCAUCACUCAAAAGACGAUUCAACAACUGUGUAAAGUGGUUCCUGCACAUACAAAUUAAAAUGAGAAAAUCAUAUAGUAAUAUGGGAAAACUAGAAUACCUCUUCUCACUAAACAAUGGAAAAUCAAAAGCCAGAGUUAUAAAAACAAUAAGAACUAGAAAAAGCAAUAUAAGGUCGUCUAGAAAACUGUCUUAAGAAAUACCUAGAGCUCAAAUAUGCAUCCAAGAAAAAGUAUAAUCCUGCAUAGGACUUGAAUUGGUCAAAGAGUUUGAUGCAUGCAUCAACACCCAGCUGCUCUGAAUCUGAAAACUAUGUACCAGUAAAAAUGUUUUAUAAUAGCGCAAAAAAAUAAUUUAAUCGAAAGGGAUUUCAGAAAGCGAUUAAACAUGCAAUUAUAAAUUUCAAUUCCCAAAACAAAAAGGGAUUUCAGAACACGUGCACUUACUAAACUAAGACGAAUUAAAUAAAAUAAAAUAAAAGAAUCCAAACUCACAUUUGAAAGACAACACAGAAACUAACAUAACAAGGAGACCAUUGUGAAGAGACAAGAGUGGCUCAUCUUGCAAAGAGAGUACAAGAGAUCGUAAGAAACACAAUCAAAAGAAAGAUGGAAGGAGGGAGAAUAAAGAGCCUACCAAUUUAGGUAGAAAUGAGACAAACCGGAAGCAAAAACACCAACAUCUUUGCUUCUUGAUUCCUGUUGAAAUUAGAAGCAACACCAGCAUCACAAAAUCUUUAAUAUCGGAAUAUGCGAUAUCUUGUACCAGUCCUCUCCUGUUCCCUCCUUGCAUCGCUCUUCUAGUGUUGGACAACCACGAAUUGUCAGAAGCUCCAGAGAAGUGAGAUGUCGAAUACCUUCCGGUAAGCAUCUCAGUUCUUUACAACGACAAAUAUCUAGAGUUCGGAGGGAUUGCAGACCUUCCCAAAUUUCCUUUGGUAAAGACUCAAGCUCAUCACAUGAAGAGAUUAUCAGAUGCUCCAUAACUAGGCUAAAUGGUUCAUUUGGUAACUCCUUCACUUUUGGAAAAUCAUUCACAUCAAGAGCUUGAAGACAAGUAAGGUUUUUGAACAUCCCGUCCGGGAAGGAUGUUAUUCUUUUACCUCCAGCGAGGGUAAGGCUGUUAAGACCACAAAAGCUAGAGAUUGACCUCAGCAACUCAUUGUUACAUCCCAAUACAUCUAGGUUUUUAAGAGAUACAAGACAUGGCAGUCCAAGUUUAGGGCAAAAGGAGAUGGUUAAACGAGAAAGACAAGGAAACAUCUCACCUCUUUCCACUUUCAAUAACCCUUCUAAGUUUGGUAGGAUUUCUAAUAUGAGUACCUCCAGAGAUGGGAAAAUCCUCGCCACAAUACCAUCUUGAGAUUCUUCAUCAUCAUCCAAGUAUUUCAAAUCAUUCAUAUUAUGCAAAGCGAGUUUUUUCAAAGAUUGUAGUUUACCAAAUGACGGAAGCCGCACACAUUUCUCACAAUUCCAAAGUACAAGAGCAACUAAAUUACUGAGAAUACUUAUCCAACUUGGUAAGAAUAAUCUGUUAUAGUGACAAAUUAUCAACCUCUUGAGAUUUGAGUGAGGUUGAAGCACUUCAAAUAGUUGCUCAAAACUAAUAGUAGGGGUCUUCGUAAAUCCGUCAUUGCUGGUCCACGAAAAACAUAAUUCCUGGAGGUCUUUUUUACCCAUCAAAUUGGCUGCUUGAGCUUCAGAUAAACUACAAACAUCAUUUAAACCUUUGAUACUUAGUUUUCCUCCCAGGUUUAGAUCGUGUAACUCUGCCAAGCUAUUCCCUUUCUCUAAACUAACAAUGUACACACUUAAUGUUCUUAGACAGGUUAAUUUUCCAAUGUAUGGAAACAUGUGAAACAAUGAAUGGCAAUCUUUAAUGACAAGAUGUCUGAGAUUCUGUAAACAAGCCAAGCCUUUCGGAAGACAGCUAAGUUUUUGACAAUCUUUUAUUUUCAAGAUUUCCAGUUUUUGUAAGUUGUAAAUUGAGUCCGGCAACAUUUUUAUUUCAAGAGAACGAAGUUCCAAAUACCUUAAAUGAAUUAAACUCCCUAGUGAUGGUACCUGGAUAAAGGAUGUGCAUAAAACCCGAAGGGAACGGUUUGUUGGCGAGUAAUCAUGUUUUGUUUUGGUGUAAUGAUUCAACUGAAACAAUGUUCUCAAGGAUUCAACUUUCCUGAAGGCACCCUCGUCGAAUGAUAACACGUCAUCAUAGUGAAAACUUAUGUGGUGUGUGCUUUUUGACAAAGUAGUCAUGUUUGAAUUCUCCAAAUACAUACAUUCUUGACCCAUUACUGAUUGAGCAAGAUCAUGGACAAGAUCAUGCAUCUUGAAAGAAAUGUCUCCAGAACCGUUGUCCAUCUUGAUGUCUUGAAAGAAAGAUUUUUGGCACAAUUCAUUCCAAACCAUGCUGCCAACAUCUUCAACCUCCAUAUUUUCCCUAGAUAAAAUAAAUUCAUUAGCCAUCCAAAGAUGAAUCAAUUCUUCCCUCACGAAUUCUGUAUCUUUGGGAAACAUAGCACAAAAAGCGAAACACCGCUUUAAGGUUGGAGUUAAAUGAAAGUAGCUCAACCUCAAAGCAGGUAAAAUAUAAUUCUCAUGUGGUAAAGCCCAAAGUUCACUCUCUUUAAUUUCAAGCCAUUCUUUUUCUUCAUUCCUUGAACUCAUUAGACCUCCCAAUGCUUGUGCUGCAAGAGGCAAUCCAUCACAUUUCUUUACUAUCUCCUUUCCUAUUUCCACAAGCUCUGCACGCUCUUCUCUAUUUUGUCCAAAUGCAUAUUGUUUGAACAACAACCAACAUUCAUUAUCAGAGAGAACAUAUAAAGGAUGAGCGUGGCAUGUUCCCAUGAUCGUCGCAACAACCUCAUCACGAGUGGACACUAAAAUGGAACUACCUUUGGAUCCACACGAUAACACUGAUUUCAGUAUAUUCCAUUUCUCUUGGCUUAAUCCGAAUUCCAAUUGCUGAUUUUUGUUCCACACAUCAUCCAAAAUCAGCAAAUAUAUUUUACCUUGCAGCAAUUCCUGCACCUUUCUUUGUAUUACAUCUAAAUUGAAGCCGUCAUACUUCUCUCUUGUGAUAGAUUCUAUAAUGGAGCACAAAAUCCUCUUGACCGAGAAAGUCUCGGAAACACAAACCCAUAUUUUUGUAUUAAAAUUGCUACUCACCCUAGCAUCAUUGUAGACCAAUUGAACAAGAGUUGUUUUUCCAACACCACCUAAACCAACAAUGGGAUAGACGGAAAGGAAGUCGGAGUCCCUCGCUUGGGUGAGAAGAAACUCGAUAAUCUUCUCUUUAUCAUCUUCUCGCCCAAAUACUUUUGGUUCAGCAAUAAUAGAGCUAGUUUGACGCCAUUCUGCUACUUCAAUUGAUCUUUCCCUAAAAGUUCCAUUCUCUCCUAAAUGAAACUUGUUUUUACUUUCAGCAAUAUCAUCUAACCUCCUUGUAAUCUCUUUCAAUCUUUUGCCAAUCUCACGACAAAAAAUGAUGUUCUUUGGUUUGAAAGAUGAUGAGGCAAUAAGUCGAGCAGACUCGAUCGAGCACUCAUCAAGGAUAUCAUCGAGCACAUAAACAGCAUCUUUGAGUUGUUGUAGCCAUACCUUUAUAGAGCGAUUGAUGACUUGCUUCUGCUCAGCAUCUUCAAGAACAGCGUUGACCAAAUCUAAGGUGGUUGAAAGCUUCUGAGCCUUGGACUUGAUUCCAGAAAUGGUGGCCAAUUCAUUUUGAACAAGAGACUUCAAAUUCUGUAACACAACUCCAAGUAAGGCGUCAGCCAUAUUCAGUAACAAAAGUGUUGAAAAAAGAGAAAAAGAUAUAACAAAAGGAGUGGUGAAUUAUCAGAGUGUAGAAUGGAAAAUGAAUAUGAAAUGCUGAUUGUUUUUAUUCAAAAGCAGCAUCCACGAAAAGUAUGGAUGACUAAGCUUAUUGAAUAUCAAAGUCAAACGGUUGUAGUUAAUUUUGGGUCAAAUGCAUCUUUAAGUUUUUCAUUUUUUCAAAAAUCGUCUUUUAAGUUUCAAAAGUCUCAAACAAAUCCUUUUAGUUUUUGAAUCAUUUCAAACAAGUUCUAUUGUAGAUAACAUAGUUGGUAAUUGCUUCCUUGAACUCAUCUUUGAUACCAAAUUUGGCUCCUAACACCUACUUAAAAUUAAUCAUCUUUUUAGGCAUGAUAAAUGGUGGAUAAUGCUCUUUGUUGCUAUCAUCUAAAUCAUCACCAUCAUCCUCUAAAAAGACUUGUUUGAUUCAAAAACUAAAAGGAAUUGUUUGGGACUUUUGAAACUUAAAUGAUUUGUUUGGGACUUUUGAAAUUUAAAGGACAACUUUGGGAAAAACGAAAAACUUAAAGACCUUUAGAUGCAUUUGACUUUUGUAUAUAAAUCUUUUUUUUAAACUUGCAUAUUGAUUUCUUAAGUUUUUACUUUUCAUGUUUCAACAUAAUUGUGUCAUUAUAUUUAAAAUAAAUAAUAAUAAAUGUAUCUAGAAAAUUGCAUAAAAGUUCAUAUUUAUGGAUAAAGUUUUCUUCAAAUGCUUUUCUUGGUCUGGUCUUCAAUGUUUUUAUUUAUUAAUGAAUGACUUAGCUCUUGAUUUUUUUUUGUCAGAUAGUCUACUGGUUGGAGAUCACACAUUUUAAAUAUGGAGAAGUGGGGUGCCCGAGGUUCGAACCCCGACCCCUGCAUAUAAAAUGCAUUUGUCCCUACCAAGUGAGCUCUUGAAUUAUUAUAAAUAGUCAUGUUAUCAUACGAAAAAUUUGUCCCUAAACCCUAAUCCGGAAAAAUAUGGAUUAUAUAAUACGAAUCGUGUUUCCCCUAAAUUCUUGACACAAGAGGGUUGUUUGAAUUUUAUAAUCCAAUAAAAAGCAAAAGAUGCACCCUAUUUUUUGGGGUGUUCGUAUUAUAAAAUUUGAAUUGGUGAAAAACAUUUCCCACCCCAAAUCAAGGGAAAACUCAAUUUGAAUUAUAUAAUCUAAAAAUCUCAUGUUCAUUUUCGUAAAAAAUUAGGGCGCAAGAGAAAUUUAUAGAAUGGAAAAAGUAAUAGUCCAAUUAAAAUAGAUACCCUCUGAAAAUUUGGAGGUCUAGAAAACAUUGAAUGGCCUAAAAUGAAUGGCUAAAACAAUUACCGUUAUUUUUCACACCAUGUACUCUUCUUACGCGCAUGUGCUCUAUUUACGCGCCUUAUUUUUUUUUUCUAUAGCUAACAAGUAUGACAACAAAUAUAAUCUGUAUUUUUCUCAAGCGGAUUGAUCAAACGAGGUUAUAAUACUUCACCAUAAAUAAAUUCAUGGGAGUUUCUAUUACUCCUCCCAAUGAUUUCUUUAACUGAAGAAGUACACUUUUUCGGACGGGAAACACUUUUGUCCUGAUUUACCUAUCCUAGGCUAAGGAUAAAAAAUUUUUUUUUUUUUCCUUCACUCAUUCGAAGUACAUGUCCAGGGUAGAAAAAGAAGGUCCCUGAAUUCAUUUUAUUUUAUUUUAUUAGCAAAAGAUCCUAAUGCCAGUUAAUUAUAACACCAUAGGAAAAUAUAAUCCCAACAUAAUUAAUCCAAAGAAACUGAGGACACUCCUCCGGAGGAUAAUAAAAGACAAACCACAAUGUUAUAAAUUAUAUAAGUGUUUACUAAUAACUCAUUGUUCUAACUUCUACAUUUCACAAUAACAAAUCUCAUUAACUUGCAUUUAAAGAAGUUUCAAUAUGAGUGGUAAAUCUUUAUAUCCAAAAUUGGAGUAAGGCAGGGGGAACUAAAAAAAAUGUUAACAAAAAACAGUGCUAAUUGAAUUAUAACAUUUAGACCACAAAUAUGAGCUAAGCAGAUUUCCUCAACAUCAAGGGAGGUGAAACAGACUUCAUUCCAUGUUUUUGAACUGUUUGCUUUGGUAGCGCACCAGCGGAAGCACCUUGGAAUUUUCAAACUUCACAACAAAAUCACUGCUAACUUAGCCCUGUCAGAAAUAAAAGCAAUCAUAAGAACGUUCAGGCAAAGGAGCGGACAUAACUAGAUCGAUCAAAUGCCCUCUAAACUCAUAGUCGGGAUUUAGGACCUUCUCUCGGAGAUCAGCAGCAUCCAUACGUUUCACAAUUUAUCUGAUGUAAACAUAACGAAAUAACAUGAAUGUCCCACCGAAACUAUCAUUAUGUAAUACAAUGACACCUUCCUAAUGAAGACUUGUAUAAACACCUGGUUUAUAGCUUGAACAAAGAAUUUUCAUUGGUAGCAUGCUCAGAAUCACCUUGUGCCUUUUGCUAAGCAACAAUGGCAAAUGUAGAGCCCCAUUUGUCACAAUAUUUACCAACAAUACGAGAAAAUCAUAAUAUAGGGUUGCUUGUGAGAAAGUGCUUGAGUUUGUUAUUGUUGUCGAUGAUCACUUUGCCCCACAGCAUUACGGACAUGUACAUCUUGACUUCCAUCACUCAAAAGAUGUUCAAACAACUGUGUAAGCAAGUGAUUCCUGCACAUGGAAAUUGAAAUGAGAAAAUAGUAGGGUGAUAAGCAGAUGCAGGGAAGAGAGAAUGCACUGAAAGUAUAAGACCUUUCAUAACACAUGCAUGUGUGCAUCUAGAAGCUUGGCCUUCAUAAUAAAGCUCAAUGUACUUGAAGAAGUGAAUAUCAGGAUUCUCACUAAACAAUACAAAAUCAAAAGCCAAUAUUACAAAAGCGAAAAACAACUAUAAAUGCAAGUUCCCUAAAAAAAACACUAUAAAUGCAAUAUAUAUAGGCCUAGAGCUUAUUAAAUAUGCAUCCAAGAAAUAGUAUAUACUAGUUCUUCAUAGGACUUGGAUUCUUCAAAUAGUUUGAUGCAUGCUUCAACACUCAAUUGCUCAUAAUAUUCCUAGAAGUCUGCAAAUUGUGUACCAUUAAAAUUCUUUAAUGAAAUCCAAAAAAAUAAUUUAAUUGCCAAAGAAAAGUCUUAUAACAUAUUAUAAGACAUUUAUUUUUAGAAAGAGCCCAAUUCUUAGAUAUUUAGAAGGAACCCAAUUCAGUCGUUAACUCUUGAGAAUUGCUUUUCUCACCAAAGCAAUUGCUCACGUACACCCUACUAAUGUCAAUAAUAAAACAACAUAAAACGAUUCUUAUUUUUACUAAUAUUUGCACGCCUUGAGAUUUUUGUUUUGCACCUCAUCAAUCAAGACUGACGAGUCGAACCGGUGACAUUUGAAUUUGAAUGUUUGUUAAAUUUUCCAAAUGGACUUUUAAUGCUGCUACUCCCUCCGUCCAAGUGACACAGUUGAUCCAAUUAGGAAUACCAAUGCGUAAUUUUGAGUUUAAAUAUCUUGAAUAAUAUAUUGGAAAAAAUUAUAAAAAUUUGAUAUUUUGAAAAUACUCAUCGAGACGAAUCUAACGACAUCUUAUAUGAUAUUAUUUAUCUUUGUAUAUUAGUAGAAAAAUAUGGUCAAAGUAAGUUAGAUCAAAAUUGCACAUUUUUAAACAGGUCAUUUAUUGCGGGACGGAGAGAGGAUUAUAUUUGGUAGACUUUUAUUUUUCAAUACAUGAUAAAAACGUAUAACACUACCCUUCAAAAAAAAAAAAAACGUAUAACACUAGUUUCAAACUCAUGUCUAAGGCUUAUACUACUUCAAUUACUCAUCCACUAAACCAAAUCAAAUGCAUUUGAUACUACUUGCAAAUAAAUAAUAUUGAUUUGAAUUCCAGAAUAAAUCACUACUAAUCUUAGGUUUUGUAACCCGUUGUUCAUUAGAUAAUUCUUUUAGGAAUAUUAAAUUAUCAAACCGUAAAAGAGAAGUUAGAGUUUAUUCAUGCUUUUGAUAACAUUAGUUCACCCAAGACAUUGGAUUGAGACACAAUAUUGAUGUUGGUUUAUUUUUCUUUUAAAUCAACAUAAAUUGUUCUGUCAAAAGAAAAUAAUAGUAGAAAAAUAAGUAAAUAAUAACCAUAUACUUGUGUUCUUUCAAAAAAAAAAAAACUCAACUCAGCCAUGGAUCGCGCACAGCUUCUCUUAGUAGGUUUACCCCUCUUCCUCCUCUGCUCCGACCUCUUCUCCCUCUUCACAUCAUCUCCUCCACCGCCAAAACCAUCUCACCACCACCAUCACCACCAUCAACAACCACAACCAGUAAUCAACCCCGUAACCACACCCUUCCCUUCCGACUCCGAGGUAAUUUUCUAUUCCUUCAACCAAUUUACUUCAUCACUGUUAUAUUUUCAUCAUCACAACAUGUCUAAUUAUUAUUCGGUUUGUAUUUGAUCUCAGAAACUCGCUACUAAUAUUGGAGGUGCAGGGUUUGGCAACACUGUUAAUAUCAAUUUCUGCUCUUCUUGCUCCUACAAGUACGUAAUAUACUUUACAGAAUACUUAUUAUAUUUAUAUAUUUUUAGGAAUUAUAUUAAAGACAAAAUUGAUGCCUUAUUCUUUUUUUAUUUAUGCAUCUACAAUGCAAAAUGUUAUGCGGGUUGUUAGACACUUGAUGUGUAUUUUAUGCUUUGAAAUUUUGAUUCUCAGUGGUUAAUUAGCUAGAGAAAUGUUGUAUUAGGUUUUUAUAUUGAGUUUAAUUCAUCCUUACAAAUCAUUCCAUGCAUAUCAAUUUUGAGAUGUUCUAAGUUACUAAAAUACCAGUCAAUCCUGGAUUGCGGCCGACCCCAAAAGUGGGAUAUCGGGUGUAUAGUGGGAAGACGCUACUGAAUGAUACUAUAAAGUGUAAACGAACAUAUAUUUAAUAUAAAAUUAAAUAUAACACUCAAAUCUCAUGAAAUAUUCAUAAAUCAAAACACUCAAACAUCCACAGAACAUUACAUUCAAAUCCAAAUACCAAUAAAUGUCAAGGAUAUAAAUAAGCUUAUGAAAGCUUUCAAGUCUCCAACAAAAUUUCACAAGUCUUAGUUAAAACAUUAAAUCCAAAAGAACAAAGGACAGAGGAACUAAAAAGAAAACAAAGAAUAGAGGAAAAGAUAGAUGGAACAUGAAUAGUGGACGACGAUGGCAAUCGGUUUGCAGAUCGUGUGAGGGUUGCAAAUCAGUUUGCAGAUCGUGUUUUGCAGCGGAGAAGAGAGAAGAGUCAGGAAAAUGUUUGCACACAACAAAAUGUUAGGGCUUAUACGAAAUCCCCAAAAUGCCCUUAAAAUGGUUUUAAAAUUAGGGUCAAUGUGGGAUUUUCCUGUUAAAACCUAAUAGUGGAUCAAAAUCCGCUGCCCGCUAUAGCAGCUAUAGCGUCCUCUAUCUUGAACUGCAUCUCUAUGACGCCCACCAUAGUGGUUUCUUACCACUAUGCUAUGCUAUGCCGCUAUAGCGCACUAUUGACUAAAGUAAUUACUAUCAUGAAAUUCAUGGUGGACUUCCUUAAUGAACUAGAUAUUAAUUCCUUUGUUCACUUUCCUUGAUCUACUUAUCAUUGCUCUGCUUGCUGAAUCAUAUUUCUUAUAGUUGGUAGAUUGCUUGUUGGUUGAUUGUUUGUCAAUGAGUUGGAUCCAAAUUUGGUGUAUGAUAGAACACUAUGGCGUCAUUUGAUCCAUGUAGCCGACCCCACUUAGUGGGAUAAGGCUUGGUUGUUUUUGUUGUUGUUGGUUGAUUGCUUGUCUUUCUGUGCAUGAUUAUGUAUAGAAUGGGAUAGUCAGUGUAAAUGGAUGUUUUUUACGUAUGUAGGGGAACAGCAGUAACAGUGAAAAAAAUGUUGGAGAUUGCUUUUCCUGGAAUUGAGGUUAUUCCUGCAAAUUAUCCCCCACCACUUCCAAAACGUCUGCUAAGCAAAGUGGUUCCAGUUGUUCAAAUUGGUGUUAUAGGUGUCGUAGUGGCAGGGGAACAGAUAUUUCCAAUGCUGGGUUUUGUUGCACCUCCUCCUUGGUAUUUUAGUUUGCGUGCUAAUAGGUUUGGAACCAUUGCUACUACUUGGCUUCUUGGAAAUGCCGUGCAAUCAUUCUUGCAGAGCUCCGGGGCAUUUGAAGUUUACUUCAACGGCAAUCUGGUUGGUGCUCUUCUUCUAUCUUUUACUUAUAUCAUGUGAUUCUUUUGGAAGCACUCACAAUCAAUCAUGAUGGAAUAGGUCCCUUGCAUGACUAGUUUUAUCAACAUUUUGACCACUUCACUUCAUUUUACUGGAUAUUCACCUGACAUUAUGAAAUACUAUCAUAUAACAUGUUAGCAACGAUCAUUGAUCUUGACAAGACUAGUUGAAAAAUGAGAAAUAGCCAAUAUUAGUUGAAAAACAAGAAAUAGUUUUGUUACCUAGUAGUGCUAAUUAAAAAUGGUGGUCCCUUUGAUUUAUUAUAUAAAACCUUUGUACUCGUAGUUUAGAACAUCUACUUUCAGAUUGCAAUCAUUUGAACAUGCUUUUACUGGGAAGUUGUUUCUCGCCAUGUGUUUGACUCUCAACAAGUCAUUUGGUUAGUCGGUAGAUUGUUUUGAUUAUUAGGUUUCUUUCAUUAGAGUUUUUUGGUAUAUAACUUGUUAUAUCAUUACUAUUACGGUUUAUUUGGAAAACACCUAUGAAAUGGACUGAUAGUAAAUAAAUUGUGAUAAACAUGUCGUCUUCUCUGUUUUAAAGCUUGUUAUCUGAAGCAAAUUUUGACUUCCCUGUUGCUUUCAUUUGUGCACUUCUGCGACUAUAAUGUUACUGAGUUGUUGGUUAGAGUAGAUGGAAUGUAAAUGGCAUCUUUAAUGCUUCUGAACUUAACCCGUUGAAAUUCUUCAUCUGUCAUUGAAGGUGUUCUCUAAAUUAAAAGAGGGAAGGUUUCCAGGAGAGAUAGAGUUGAAGGAUCUGAUCACCAAAAGGAUGACAAAUUCUAGACUUGUCAGCAGCGCUUCAGAAUUGGGGCUUUAGCUCUUUUGUCGAAUUGCAUCUCAUGAAGACUUCUAAUUUGAACAGGCAAAGAUGAUGUAAUGGACCUACCAUUGCAUUGUGAAGCCGAGGCUGGUUCACAGAUAUAUCAUAGGAAUGUAAUAUUGUAAUGUUUCCAUACUGGAAAAUUGACUGUAAACCAUGUAACUUCUGAAGCCAUAUUGGUUAAUUCAAGUUUGCUUCAGACGUAAAUUUCAGCCUUACACUAUCAUUUUUCUUUUUUCGACAUUCUGACAUUGUGCUAUUGUCAGCUCAGCUCAAGUAAACUCCACUUACCACGCGAAAAAUAGAAUGAUAUUAAGGACAAUUUUGACCAUAUAUCUAACUGGAAGUAUAUGACUUCUGAACUAAAUGUGUAUAGAAAUUAAUAAAUCAAAUUAUCGAGAUACUGUAAUAAAUGAAAAAUAGAUCUAAGAAAUGAAUAUUAUCAAUGGCAAUGCGAGGAACUCAUUCGGUUAAUAGCCCUGAAAUGACGGAAAACUUGUCUGGCCAAAGAUUCUGUUAAAAAAAUAAAUCAAGUGCAUCAUCAAAUUGCUUUCUGAAGUCAUGCAAUUAUUGGAGAUGUUUGAAAUCAUAGCCUAAAGUUAUUGUUAAUUUUUGUUUGACAAAUAUUUCACACUAAUAUCUAAAGUUAAAUAUUUAAAAUUAAAUUAACCCCUAAAAUUAUUUAUGAAUAUCAGAUUAGUAGUCUUCAUAUUUGUUAUGUAAAUCUCAAAUUUCUUAUCAAAGAUAGUGAGACAUGACUAAAUUAUUUUACAAUAUAAUUUCAAAGAUGUAGUCAAUUUCUUUAUUUGAGGGACUAACUCAUUGUCUCGUACAAUUUUAGGCAUAAUUUUUUCAUACAUUAUUUUGAACAUACAAUUGGUGAACAGUUCAUUAUGAUUUUUGCUUGAUGAUGAACAGUUGAUAUAAACAUGAAAACUGGUUUGUUGUGCUCAGUAACUAAUAUACGUGAUGCCUAGAGUUGAAUCUCGAUGUGUAUACAUUGUUGAUUAUAAUAAGACCAAAGACUGCCAUAUUUUAUUGCCUUCCUCUUCAAGCUAUCUUUUGUGUAAUCUCCUUUCAAGUGCCACCAAUUUCUACCAAAUUGAACAUACACGAAGCAAAUAUCAUGAACAAGUACAGUUCCUUGUUGUUCAGCUAACUGGAAUUCAUCACUUAUCCCUUUAAUAAUGACCUGCGAUGCAAACAAAUAAAGCUAAGUAUGUUAGCAUUUCAAAGCCUUAAUAAAAUGUCACAACUAAAUAGGUUUAAGCUCUUUGGAACAACUCCUAACCAUUCUGAAAGUAUUUUACCUAAAAAUUUUCAUAUUCUGCUUAUAUCACGGCCAAAAACAAAAGUUGUAGCCCAGUUAAUAGCUACAUAGAAUCUGUUCCUCCAGCUAAUGACACGAGUUAGAUAAGCUGAGCGCCAAACAAACCAACUGAGAAAACCUGCUAGAGACAAUCCUUUUGCAUCCUGUAGGAGAAAAGUUAGUGAAUUAAACUGUUCUAUGUUUUUAAGAGCACCAAGAAAAGGACCUUUAGGUCGAGCACUGAUAAGUCUAGUGGUCCCUUUCUCCUGGGAUACUAUGCGUGAAAACCAGAUAAGCCUCACCAAAAGGUUAAGGAAUGAUAAAAAUUACCUUGUUCUGUCUGAGGUCUACUAGAGCCUUGUAACUUCCAACAGUUGCCAUGCUUCCAAGAUGCUUGUACACAAACUGAUUCCCCAAGUCUAUAUCUUUCAUGCUGUUUGCACGGCCUCCAUUGGCUUCACCUACUUUGUUUAACAAGGCUGCUAAGUAUUUACCUUGCCUCUCUGCUACCUGUGGAAUUCAAGUGGCAAUACAUUAAGGCCCUGUUUAAUUAGGCACUUAUAAGGUAAGUGUUUAUAUCAUAUAAGUGCGUAUGUAUAAGCCAUUUCUAUCGCAAGAGAUAAAAUAAAGUCUAAUUAAUUUCACGUAAUCUAUAAGCUGCUUUCAUAAGCUAUCCUGGAGAGCUUAUGGAAAUAAACCUAAAACAACUUAUGGACAUGCAUAAGAUAAUUCCAUAAGCUCUCCUAAACAGUCUCACAAGUGCUUAUACCGGAAGAUAAGUUGAAAUAAGUCGGUCCAAAUAGACCCUAAUUUGACAUGAAUAAGCUUUCAGGCAAAGGAAGAUACAAUACAUGAACCUCUACCAAGUAAAGGGAGUAACACAUUCAGAAUGGAAUGUGUUUAGGGACUAACUAAGUCCUUAGUGUUAAACUAAAACCAAACCUACACAUUGACAGGAAUUCAAGAAAUGAAAGUGAGCGUUGGAGAAACUAAUGAAACCAAUGUAAGUUACUUGGGCAAGAGCUGGAAGUGUUGGUUUUCCAGUACUUUCAACAAAUCCACUGCAGUCACCUAUUGAGAAGAUAUCUUGUACUGAAGGAACACGAAGCCACUCAUCAAUACCAAUCCUGUGAAGAGAGAACUUUGUACAUAAAUACUUACACGCUUUAGUGUUAAAACAUAAUAUAUUUGGAGUAUUGAUAAAAAUAAUAAUAUAUUUGGACCAAUGUGAUCCUGCUUUCAUGAUAAUACAGAUCCGAAUACUAUAUGUAUCCAUAUAGAAAUCAGCUGCCAAUUGUAAAUUUUGCAACGGUUGUCCAUGGAAUGAAAAUAAAUGCAACUACUACGUUGAGUAAACAAACCUUCCACCAGGAGAUUUAGGGAGAUCCAGCGAGUGGAUAAAAGGUGAUGGACCAACUCCAGUAGACCAAACCAGCAAUCCGUAUGGAACCUCAGUACCAUCGUUAAGUAUAAUCUUCUUUUCUUGUACAUCUUUCACAAUGCCUCGAACAAGUCGCACUCCUGACUGAUAGAAAUCUUAACAUGAGGAAAGGAACAUAUUGAACAAACAGUAAAGGGACUUUCUCGUGAUAUUCAUAGGUACAACACGAACAUAUUUAACAAAAAGUAAAGAAACACUUACAACAUAAAGCUCACCUUUGUCAACUGGUUGGUGGCAUAGUGCCUGAGUCGGUCAUCAAAGGAAGACAAUAUCUCAUUAGCCUGAAGAGACAUGAAUAAAUUGAUUAGCAACAAAAAUUAUUGUGAAAGACAAAUUUUGGAUGGAGAAGAAAUAUUGUUACAAAUUUACCACAAAAUUGGCUUCUAUGAACUCUAAGGUAUUUCUAACCAUUUUAUUAUUACAAUGAAUUGCCGAAAAUGACAACGGCAAGAGCAAGAUGACUGUUGCUAAUUUCUAUAACAUGUGUAUAAUCUAUUUAAUUGCAUCACAUAUCUAAUGAUACUAAGCAUACCUCAAUCAAAGUAACAUGGAUAUAGUCCUUCACAUGAGCAUAUCUCUGACGAACAUCUCUCAUGAUAAAAUCACUAAGUUCACCACUAAAUUCAACUCCCGUAGGACCACCUCCGACAACCACACAGUGUAACAGCCUUUUCUUCUCCUCUUCCGAAAUCCCUGCAUCCAAAUCAGUUACAGAUUACAAAGGUAAUGCAUAAAAAGCAUUAUUUUUCAAACACAGGAAAAUUAUCGCAAACCUGGAACGUCAGACAUCAUCAAAUUGAGGAGCAACUUGCGACGGAUUUCCUGUGCAUGGUAAACUUCACGAAGAAAAAUUGCAUGUUCAUAAACUCCAUGAAUUCCAAAAGUGGUGGGUUGUGCUCCUAGUGCAAUUACUAACUUAUCAUAGGAGAUUGUAAACUUCCAAGGAUCCAGUGUCUGUGUUCCUUCAGUUACAGUCUCACAUUGUACCUUCAAAACAAUGUGUCAGACUCUCCCAAAUUAAGCUGCACUGUGAUUACAUUUAUUUCAACCAAUACUAGUAUCACACCCUUUUGUUCGUUGCUGUCUAAAGGAGUAAGAGCAUUUGAAGAAGACUAAAACAGUGUUAUAAAAACCAGGAAAGUUACGAUGUUUCACCCAAUUUUUCAUAAGAAUUGUAAAUUGAAGUUUUAUACAAAGUAAGAUACAUAAAGCAGAACACACAACAGUACUACGGCUAUGGAAUGUAGUUUUAUACAUAAAAAACUAUAUUUCUCAAAAUAUCCUAACUAAACUGCCAGGAAACAGUAAGGAAAAUCGAAAGUUCAACACUCCUCCUGGUUUGGCUUGUUACAUAAUCCCACCUUCUUUCUUAGCUGCAAAAACCAAGUCCUAGGCUAUUAGGAAUAUAUUGUAUUCAGAGUUUCCCUUUUCCCAAAGUCAGAAUUCUGUUACAAUUUUGUUAGUCACGGUUAGGAAUUUAGUAACAAGUUAAUUACAUCUAGUUGCACUAUAAAUAUACCACUGUGCUCUUAUGCAAAUCAGAAUGGAAUAUACAAGGCUCUCUCAAAUCUGAUUUCUAGACCUUUCUUUCUUUUCUACACUUUCCUUUACUGUUUAUGCAUCUCAGUUUCUAAUAAGAAUCACUCAAUCUUUAUAAACUCUAUUUAUGUCAUAACCCUAAGCAACAUGGGAUUUGAGCUUUUCUCCAAUAAUGAACACCAAACGAAGAAGUCACAAUGUUAGGAUGAGUAAUUUCACAGAACAAACUGACAAACGAAAACACAUUGAUUCUAGCGCCAAUUUAACAAACUGACUAGCAAAAGAUACAUUUGAGAGUGUUUUUAUAAUUGAUAUAUUCAGGGACUUUAGUGGCACCAUCAGACAUAUUAAACAACCCAAAUGACUAUUUACUCGGGUCGGUUACAAUUUAUAUAUGAAAUUGAAUUUCCAUUGGGGCUUCCGGUGUCAGGGACAGGAACUGCUUUGAAAGUCAAGAUUCCAAUACAACAAUAACCAACUAUCUCACUAGUUAGGGUAGGAUAAAAGGAUACUACGUAUUUCAACCCUACAAAAAUGCAAAAAGAAAAAAAAUAAACAUCUAUAGUAAAUUCCAAAUCCCAAAUAAGGUACCUUUUAAUGGUUUGAAUUUUCAAACCUCAAAUAAAUUCCACUUAGCUUCAGAACAUUCUAAAGUUCUUCUCUACAUAAUAAUAGCUAUGAUUUUUCAUAGCCAAAAACGCAUUUUGCAGCACAAACUUCUAAUCUUAAAAUCAAAUAUAUCACAGCAUUGCUAAAUCCUCAAUACAUAGUUUGGCAGAGGAAAUUCCAACUUACAACCAUUGCAGAAUCACAUGCCAAAGGCAAAGAUCGUAACUCAUAAUGAUACUUGUUUGCCACAUCAUAGUCACAUUAACAUGACAUUGAAUUCAAUCACUUCCAACCACUCAUCAUUCUUAUUAAGAAACACAUUCAUGUGAAAAAUUGAAUUAUAAAAUCUACCACUCCUAAAGUUUCAGACAAACAUUAUAUAUAUAUGCCUUUUUUUUUUGUUUUGUAAAACUCGAUAUCCUGCCCAAUUACCGGCAAAUCCGCGAGACUAAUCCCACCGUUAACUAGCUGGGGGGUCAAUUGAAAUGAAAUCAAAACUUUGUAUGGACUGAUCAUAGUAGUCAAUAGCGGCCAAUAGCGCCGCUAUAGCGGCUGCGCGGUGCGGUGCGGUGCCGGAGCGCUACGCAACAAGCCAUAGUGUUGCGGUGUGAGAUAGCUGCGCAACGCUUCGUAGCGGUUUUACGGUUUAGAACCGCUAUUUCAUUUUAAGAGAAAAUACAAAAUUGUCCUUGGUUUAAAAAAAAAAGAAGGGUAUUUUUGUAAAUCUUCCUCUGCUUUUCUGCUGUUCUGUAAAACUUUUCACCUCUGCUGUAAAUCUUCCUCUACUUUGUCGUGUUUGCUCUGUUAUCCUGUUAUUUUUUUGUUUAACAAUCUCAAAACUCUGAUGUCCUGUUACUUUUUUGUUCUAGUUUUCUUUGCUAUUAUUGAUUCCAAACUCCAUUCUGCUCUCUCUGUUUUUGUUUGUAGUUUGUACAAACAAUCCUCUGUUUUGUUCAUAUAAAACUCUAUUCUGCUCUCUCUGUUUCCUUAUUUUUGUUGUUUUUGUUUUUAUGAAAUAGCGGUCAUAGCACUAUGCGCUAUCCCGCUAUAGCAUUUUUGGGGUCGGCCACUAUGCGCCGCUAUCCGCUAUUAACUACUAUGGGACUGACCCAACACAGGAAUUGUUAGCAAUUGGAAGAAUUGAACCCAAGACUUUGAGAGGAGCAUACUCAAAGGUCCUGAUCCUACAUCACCAGACCAAGCCCUAGGGGUUUUACAUAUUUAUGCCUCGAUUAGUUAAUUGCUAAUUCUGAUUCUUAGAUAUCAGGUCUAACUCAACUCCUCAAAAACCAAUAUUUUUUUUUUUUUUUGAGGGAUCCUCAAAACCAACUUGUAAAGUAAGAAUCACUCAAAAUUUCAAAACUCUAUUUAUGUCACAGCUCUAAGCAACAUGGGGUUUAAGCUUUUCUCCAACGAUGACCCACCAACCAAGAAUUCAAAAUGUUACAAUGAGUAAUUUCAAGGACCAAACUGACAAACAAAAGACACAUACCAGCACCAAUUUAAGUAAAAAAAAAAAAACAUUUAACAACUAAACUGUCUAACAAAAGACACAUUCGAGGGUAUUUUUUUUUAUAUAAUUUUGAUGCAUUCAGAGAUUAUAGUGUCACCAUCUAACAUAUUGAAUGACCCAAAAUGACUAUAAUAUUAUAAUUUAAUCCAAUGAAAUCGGUAAAAAUCAUUUUUUUUCCCUCCCACCAUUACUAAACCAUAUAAAUAUUCCCAAUUACAUUAGAUAAAACAUACCAUGAAUUGAAAAGAGAAAAAAAAUCAAACACCUGAUAGACAUGUACAAAUAAGUUUAGAUACAAUACAAUAAAAAGAAAAAUAAAGAUACCUCAUGUUUAUCAGCAUUGAUACCAGUACAAUUAGCAAGGAAGAAAAAAGAACCAGGUUCUUUAGAAAUAGUGGGUUGAAUCCUUGCAACAGGUUCAGCAACAGAUCGAAACUCAAGAGUUCCAACACAAGUAGAAGCCAAAAGAGGUGUGAAAACCAUGUGAUUACGCGGUGAUACACAAACGAUAUCAUAGAUAUUAGAAUCUAAUCCUUUCAUGAAUCUGCAUCCGGCCCAACCGGUGCCGAGAACCACCACGCGUGGCUUCUCGUGUGGUUUGGUUGGUCCGAGAGCCGCAUAACGAACCGGAGCGGUUGAACCGGGUGUUGAAGUGGAGAAGCGAGAGAGAAGAGUGAGAGAUGGGAAGAGGUGAGAAGGGUUGGUUGAGUUGGGGGGUUUGAAAAGUUGUUUCGUGGUGAAGAAGUAACUUUUUGAGAGGUUUCUAAACAAAGACAUGGUUAGUGUGUUUGUGUUUGAGAUGUUGAAGAAAGAAGAAAUGAAGUUCCAAAGAUGUAGACUGAUGGGAUGGGAUGAUCAGAUCAUAUUGAGUUGACUGAUAAUGUCACCAACUUUGUUGGGCUGCUUGUCUGCUUUUAUGGGAUCAAAUGAUGUAAUGAGAUGAGAUUGUUGACAUUAUUAUUGCUUUGAAUAUUCAUGUAGACUACUAGUCGUACAUCACAUACUGUCUUUUUUGUCCAGGUGCUCAUAAAAUAUAUAUACAAUAAAAAAUAACAAAUUUCAAAACUCGGAAGAUGCUAAUACAUCAUAGUUGAAACGAGAGAUUGAAGUUUAUCAAUUUUUUUUUUAGCAAAGGAAAGGUAAGUAUUAUCAUUAAAUCAAUCAAUGUUCAAUAUAAGAAGAAUAAGACUAAAAAAAUACGCUAAUUAUGUCAAGAACAGGCCGCCCUAAUUAAAGUAUGAGCAAUCAUGUUUGCAUGUCUCUUAACAAACUUCACAUCAAAGUUAGAAUGUAAAGAUAAUUGAUAAAAUUCUAUAAACAAUAGCAUAGAAUUCCGAAUCACCGUGACCCGAAGACGAUAGCGCUUGCACUAGAGUAGCUGAGUCAGAUUCGAAGACAUCAAGUAAAGCUACUGUCUCCCUCUCCAAAACUGUCAAAUUCGCUUGCUGCAAAUUCGUUUGAGCCCGAAUAAAUUGCCCAUGGAAGUCUCUAACACAACACGCAAAAGAUGUAAUAUGGUUACAGUCAUGGAACGCGACGUCCAUGUUGCACUUUGACCACGUCUCGCACGGUUUCUCCCAAACAGAGUUGUUACCUUGCACUCUAUUCUGCCCGUGUUGCACAACUGUUGGUGAGGGCUGUUUAUGAACCUCUUGUCAUUGUUGUCAUGCAUCUAGUGUUGUUCUUCCAAUAAUUGUUGAAGUAUGAUGAGCGUCAUUCUAAAUGACUUCAUUACGUGCUUCCCAAAUUUGCCAAAGAAGCAAAGCCACCCGACCAGCAAUGUCUCAGCUUUCUGAACAACAUAUGUCAAAAACAAAAUAUGUCAAACUGCUCACAGUUCCAACUCGCGGUUGCAACACAGUCGAAAGCCCUGCCCAAUACCAACUCUCACGCGCCACCAUAUAACCCAUAAAAGCAUGUCAAUCACCCUUAACAAUCGUAUCACACCAGGAACAUAUCACCUUACAUUGUACAUGUCGUGAUUGUAGUCAGAGGCGGGUUGGAACACACCCUCUGUAAAUCCUUCAUAACAAAUUACGAGUUUUAUGAGGGGGAUUCACCUUCCAGAUCCUACACCACUCUCCGUCAACAUGGAACCAAUCAGUGUGUAACAACUCCAUCAUAGCCAUUUGCAACCCGUCUUAAUAGUAUACCUUUCGUUACGUUCCAUCAUCCACUCUAUUCUUUCAUUCUGAACUUCCGCAAACAAUGGUGUGUUGAGAAUAGCUUGCACCAUCUCAUCUAAAAAGGUUUAAUUGUAGUUUUGAUCCCCUUUUUUCAUCAUUUUGCGAAAUUGGUCCCUCAAUUUUUAAAUUCGACAGUUUUGGUCCAUCUAUCAAAUAUUUUGUCUAAAAUAUUGUUAUAUCAAUGUUUUAAAUGAAGUUUUCAAUGGAAUUUUGUUACAAUUUCAUCCAUGUUAAUAUUUUUUCAUCUUCAGAUCAUAUUCCACGACAUUUAAAAUUUAUCACAUCACAUUUUUAAAUUUUAAAAUAUGAUGGAGGGAUCAAAACUGUCGAUUUUUACAAUAGGGGGACCAAUUAUGCAAAAUGAUAAAAAUAAGGGGAUCAAAACUGCAAUUAAGCUCAUCUAAAAACAAAGAUUCAAUCAAAGAAAAAAACAAAAAAACUAACUCAUAUGAAAUCGAAGAUAAUAAUAAAAAUAUAUGUCGACAUUAAUUAAAACGAUUCAAGUAAGUCGUUGUAGCUUAAUGUAAAUUGCCUAGAAAACGAAGAUAUUGAGAUGAAUGCGGAAAUAAAAGAUUAGUUAAUUUGUUGAGAAUAGAAUAUACACCAACUAAUGCUAUCCAAAUUCUUGUAAUGUAAAUGUAUACAUAAACAUGAGCAAAUUUAUAUAUGAUGUCUUAUGCAAAAGUAAAUCAUCUCAUCUUCUUUGCUAACUUGAUUUUGGACGUGUCUUGGUGACAAUACAAUUUAGUAAAAUAUUUCUUGUUAAAACAAAUGUUCAAGUGAUUAGCAACUCACGAAAAAAUAGCAGUAUAAUACAAAAUUUUUGAUGAAAAAUGAGAGCUUAUCAUCAACGUAAACCGAGAAAGAAGAUGGUGAAAUCUUUGUUCUUGAAAGGUAAAAAUAGCGAGUAUGAUGAUUGUGGCUUGUGAGUAUAUAUCAAAAGAUAAUAGAAGAAUUAGGAAAUAGAGAAAGAAACAAAAAGAAUGAAGUAGAAGAAUAAAAUUGAAACGUUUGGAAUUUGGAAAUAUAAAAUUGAAACGUUUGGAAUUUGGAAAUUAAUUGUGAACAUUUAUUCUAUUAAAAAAAUAAAGGAAAGACUAACCGGUGUCUCUCAAGUACUAGUCAAGGAGGAUAUUACAAAAUGAAAUUAUAUAUAUAAGGGUUAAUUAAGUUUUUGGUCCCUAUAAAUAUCUGCACUUUUGUUUUUAGUCCCUAUAAAAAUAAAUCACACUUUUUAGUCCCUACAAAAUUUUCUAUUAGUGUUUUUAGUACCUGUUAAAUUAAAAUUUGUUUAAUUAUGCUUAAACUUCUAAAUUUUUGAAAGAUUUUUUACAUACAAGUUCACUUGUUACGUGACUUUCUCUUAUCUUAUUUCCUUACUUCUUAUAGCGCAGUAACAUGUCCUGAAUAUCCCUUUUUUAUUUGGGGCAUUGAAAUAUAUAAUGGCAUGUUUAGUCAUUAGGGCUAUUUAGGUUGAUGGGUUCUUCAUUUUGAUGACUGACUGUAAUUUCUAGUCAGAACAAUUUCUUGAAGCUUUUUGUUUGUCUCUUGUACAUCUUUAUGCCGCGUUUUCUGAUAUCAAAUAUGCCAGUGAAUACGCAUUCCAUUGAACCACAUGGUUGGAUUUCAUGCUCUCAAUUUAAUGGAUUUUCAUUUAACACAUUGUUGAAUUCGUUGGAGUGAUUUUCAGGCUUUUGUUCAAUUUGUUCGUUGGAACCCUUUCCGAAGAAUGAGAACAGGAGAGCAUGAAAGAUCUUUUAUUGGUAAGGCUUAGGGGAAAUAUACAAAUAAUCGCGCAGGUAAUGUAUUAGGACUUAUGUAUUCUUAUCACAAUAAGCCUUUUCAUUUUGAGCAGCAAGUUGUUGAUCCUGAUAUUCACUUCAAUUACAUUAAAGCAGCAGCUAAAACUGGACAAAUUAAGGUGUAGAGAAUGUGACAUGGGAAUCAAUUAAUGUUUUAUUGAGUGAGGGAAGCAAAGACAUAAAUGUGUGUAAUGCUCUGCAGUGCAAGUUCUUAUGAUUGCUGAUUUCCGCCAUUAGUUGAUUGAGCUCCUUCAACAGAUUGUGCUGCACAAUUCUGCCUUUGGUUGAAACUUCGAUCAGCCAAUUUAGGGUGCUUUCUUAUGUAAAAUAAGAUAGCAACUUUUUGUCAGAAAAUUCUGCUCUAUAUAUAAACCAGAAACAAUUUACUUUCAUUCACAUGAUGUAUCUGAGUUUAGUCUCAUUAUUGUUUCAAUGAUUGUUAAUUAACCAUUUAUUUAUUCGGGUUUACUAGAAUUUGUAUUGACACAUAACGUUGACUGAUCGAUCUACUUUGAUUGGAUUGUUUUUAUUAUACUAAAAAAAAAUGAUUCAGUUUAGUUUACCAAUUACAUACAUAAUAGUUUACCAUCUUUUAAAUGUACAGGUUGGUAUGUAACGAUUUAAAUGAUUAGGUUGGUAUAGUUUACCAUCUUUUAUAUAGUUUUGAAUAUUUUGUGCAAAUUCAAAACCUUGAUGUUUCUGCUGGCUACCAAAACAGACAGUUAAAAAACAUGGAAUGUAGUUUUUUUCGUCUUCCUUGAGGACAAGGAAAUAUAUUUGGCUCAAAUUCAUUACAUGAAAGUUAAUGAACUCUGUUAUUGUUGAAAGUAGAAGAUUGGGUUACAAGUAAAUGUAACAAGUAGCAGAUAAAUUGUUGAUUAAAACAAGUGUGUUGUUAUUCCGGUCAAUAUCCAAUCUUUUAUUUUUAUGAUCAGUAUUUAAUGUUCUAUCUGCAUGUGAUCCUUUGAGUUUGAAUAUUAUCUUAGCUUACUCUUAUAUUAUGCUAAAACUCAACUGAAACUGAAAGAUACUAAAUUCCAUUCCGAAUUUUAUUCUCAAGAGUGCAUCGCAGCAAUAUCCUAAUGACAAACUGACCAAUUGCAAGAAAACCAAAGAGUUAAUGUUUUCUCCUCCAAAACUCCACCACCUCGAAACUCGAAUUAACCUGGUGGAGUUCCAAACAUGAAUUUUACCUGCAUUAUGAAAUACCGUCUGUACUUCUAACCAACCGGUUAUCUUCGCCCAAACCCUAGAAAAAAACGGACACUCAAAAUAAAUGUCGAACUGAAGGUGAAAAACACAAGAAGGGGGGGUUGAAUUGUGUUUUCUUUUUCUCUUAAAAAAUACUUCUUCUGAUAAAACUUCAGAAGCAGUUUGAUUGCUUCUGAUGAAAUGAUCAGAGUCAGAUUGCAGCGGAAAAGAACAGAGCAGAGAAAAGAAAGACAAAGACACAAGCAGUUAUCCUGGUUCCUUCCACAACACGGAAGUAGUCCAGUCCCCCUUGCACUUCCAAGGAGAUUUCACUAUAAUCACAAAGAUUACAACUGCUCAAUACUUUCUAAGUAUGAGACUUCACAAAACUAUGCUCAAGCACACACGCAAGAGUCUUCCAAUGCUCAAGCACUAAGCAAGAGACUUCUAAUGCUCAAGCACGCAGGCGAGAGACUUCUAAUCAAACAAAAAUACAGAGAAUUGAGUUUGAAUUGAACACUUGAUAUACAAUCAGUGGUGUUCACAAUACAAUACAGAAAAGACUCUAGACUUUGAAUUUCUAAGAUGUAUCAAAUCAGUGCAGAAAUUCAGUGUGCUUUGUAGAAUCAAAUUGACAGAGUUUUGGCGCUUUUUUUAACUUAUGUAUUUCUCUCUUUUAUCUUCAAGUCUUCACUCCUUUUUAUAGAGGCGUGAAAGAGACGUUGAGAUAAUCAGCACGUCUAAAGAGUCGUUUGAAAUCCUUUGAUUAUCCACCAGUGAUCCUUUGCCUGAUUUGGGUGUAGUCCUUUGAAGAAUAAACUUCAAAUUCCUUCCCAUCUUGAGUGUACAAUUCUGCAGGCAUGGCUGUUGUUUUGUCUUGUAGCGUAGACAGAAAACAGAGUAGUGGAGGUAGUGGUUGUACACUUGUACUUUGUCAACUCUAUUAACGAGAGACAAGAGCUUAGUGCUAUCCAUAUAUCCGUUGAUACCUCCCUUUCAAUUCUUCGUUCUUCUUUGAUAAGACUGAAUUGAAAAUCAGCUACUUUGAAUCUUCAGUUUGAUUAAAGGAUCAAAUGUAGCUUCUGGUGAAGAUAUUGAUUCUGAUGAAAACUUUUGCUUCUGAUGACUUUCUGCUUCUGAUGACGUCAUCUCUUCAGGAGCAGUUUAGCUUCAGGAGCAGUUUUCUUCAGAUGCUCAGAAUUUCUUUUUCUUUCCAUUGUUCUUCCAAGACCUAUUGAAAUGACUUGAGUAGCCUUUGGUCCUGUACACUUGAACAAUUAUUAGUAAUAACCAAUUGACAAUUUUUAAUACCUUGUUAUCAUCAAAACUCAAUAAGGUUCAUUGUGAAACACAUUUUGUUCCAACAAUCUCCCCCUUUUUGAUGAUGACAAACAAUAGUAUUUAAAAUGUUCAAUUGUUGUUGAUCUAAUUAAUAAGUUGACUACUGGGACAGAGGUUUGUAAGCUCCCCCUGAGUCUAAUAGAUCUUUAAGGUGAGGUUUGUAAGCUCCCCCUAAGUUCUAUUCUUAUUAAUUAAAUUUCAAUAAAAUACUUAUAAAAUCAAAUCAGAAGUAUUUAAAAGAAAUUUAGAGUAGGGCUCAGUGCCUUAAAAAAUACUAUACAUUUACUCCCCCUUUUGUCAUCAACAAAAAAGAAUAGAAACAAAAGAAAGAGUAUCAGAGCAAACAGCAUUAAAAACAGUAAAUAUCAUCAGAGUUAAAGCUUGUAAAACAUAUUGAAGGUGAAAAAGCACAAGAUCCAGAAACAAUGAUAAUAUAUAUAAAGAAAGAUUAAGAUACAAAGACACAGCUACUAAGAACAAAAGUAAAAAACAAGCUAGAGUUGGGUGUGCAACUAAGGUUGGGCUUGCUUAUACAACUGUUCUAAGAGAUACUUGAUCUGAUCAUCCUUCUUCUGAAGUAGCUCAUCCUUUUCCCUCAUUCUUCUUUUAUAUCCAGCCUGAAUUCUAGCAGCCCUAGUGAUGUACUCUUCUUCUGGAUAGAAAGGAGUAAUGUCCAGCAGAGGCACAAAAUUCAGCUCUUUCUCCUUAGCUGCUUCAUGCAUAUCUUCCAAAAGCUUCUUCAGCAUAGCAGAGUGAGAUGACACACAUUUAGUUCUAAGCUGAUCCAGCAGCUCAUCAAAGCUCUUCUGUAGAUCCAUCCACUGAUCAUAAUAGUGAAUAGGAGGUGCAGGAACUGUUCUGCGAAGAAUCAGUGCCUGAAUCUCAUCACUAAGUCUGAUCAGUUGUUCCUCUAUAUACUCAGACUCCAGGAUAUGGUCAGGGAUGGGUGAAGGUUCAGUUUGAGUUGUAUUUGAUGUGGAAGGUUGGUCAGAGGUUAAGUCUAUUAUAGUGGGUGAGUCUGGUUGUUGUUGUUGUUCUGUUGUUUGGUCAGAAGUUGUUUGGUCAGGAGCAACUUGUUCAGAAGCAGUUUGCUCCUGAACAGUUUGCUCAGGGAUGGUUUGGGUUUCUGUUUGGGUUUCCAAGACAGUCUUCUCAGAAACUGUCUUAGAGGCCUUAGUGGGUGUUGGUUGCAUUUCACCACCUAGAUGUUUUUCUAAGUUGUGAAGGGUUGAGGAUUCUUGGUGUUGGGGGGUUUCUGAAGUAGUUGCAUCUGAAACUACUUCAGAGGCCCUUUGUGGAGUUUGGUUAGGUUCUUGGUUGGGUUCAGGUUGUUGUAUACUAACAGGCUCUGGAAUAUCUGGAUAUAGUGGAUGAGUAGUAGGCAAAUUGAAUUUCUCACAAAGUUUUAUCCUAUUUUUUGAAAAUUCUAUUUGAGUACUCUCAUAGUCAAGUGUUCCAAAUUCUGUUAGUUUGGUAGGUUUGGUUUUUAGAAGCUUGUCUAUAUGUUGGCUAAGGGGUUGGUCAUCUGAUUCUGUGGAUGAUGAAGAGGGUGAAGAGGGUAGAGAUAGAGACUGAGUAUUAGUUGGAGCUUUAGAUGGAUUACCUGAGGACUGAGCUUCUGGAGCCUUUGAAACUGGUUCUGAUGAAGUUGUUCCUGAAGCUUGCUUAUUCUUCAAGGCUUGAGAAAGCAGAGUUGCUCCAUACUGAACUGUUUCUUGCUCUAACUCAGAAGCUAAAGCAGCAAUGUCAGGAGUAGGCACAUACCCUGCAGCCUUGAGACGCUCAUCCCUUUCUUUUUCAUACAAAAUCUUCAUCCUUUUCUUUUCUGCUAUCUUGGAUGCAGAAACCUCCCUAGUAUACUGCCUCAUUUCUUCAGUCAUUUCAAAACUGGGCAUGACUAUGGGCUCAGAAGUUGCAGUCCUUUUUGCCUUCUUGGGGCUUGAGUCUUCAUCCCAGUUCUCUUCCAGUUCUUUCAACAUUUCUUCCCUUCUUCCUUCAGCUGUCUUCAGAUUUCUUGUUAAAUUAGACCUCUUCCUUUUGAUGGUCUGAAGAGCAGCUUCUCUUUUAUUUUUGGGACUUGAAGGCUUUUCAGAAGCAGCUUGAUCAGAAGCAGCUUGUUCAGAACCAGCUUGUUCAGAAGCAGGCUGUUCUGCUGUUUCUUGAGUACUCCUUGUCCUUUUUCUGAUAAGAGGGACAUCAUCCAAAUCCUCCACUUCCUCAAGAAUGGUGGACAUAGCAGAUUUUUCCUUCUUAGCUUUCUUAUGCUUCUGAGCACCCACCUCAGUAGCAUCUUCAGCAAGGUAUUCUUCCUUGGUGAUCUGCUUCUUUUUAGAUUUUCUGCCUUUGGCCACAGGCAGAUCACCACCAUACAUUUCUUCUGGGAUAUCUUUCAGGCUGAUUUUCUUGUUGUAGCUCUUGUAGUAGUCUAAGAUGUAGGCCCUCUGCACAUCCAGGGGAUCUUUCUUGCAGAUAGGGAUGUGAUGAGUGACUAGAUCAGAUAUGACAUCAGAUUCAUGCAUAUCUGUAUCUAGUUUCCUGCAUGUUGAAAUCAGCCUCAUCUUGACUAGAGUUGCCCCAUUGAUUAUUUUUCCUGUGACUGCUCCCAGCUUCUGAUUAUCAUAAAUACCCACGUCUUUCAGGGCACUUAGGAGUCCUCCUUCUUGAAAGAUUAUGGAGAGCAGCCUUCCAUAGGGAACAAACUUCCUGUUCUCCAUCUGGCUCUUCUUGAGUUCCUUGAUCAUGUAUUUAAACAUAUACUUGGGAACGUUCAUUGUUGUUUCCUGAGAGAUGGUGUGAUGCAGAAAGACUUUGUGACCAAGUGAAGGUUGAUCAUUUCCUCCACCUUUGGGAAAAAUGUUUUCAUUCUGGAUCUUCAGCAGCAUUUUCUUUUCCAUGCUUAAGGUGCUGUAAGGCUUAGCAUCCUUUGAUCCGUAGAUAGUGUUGUUUACUAUCUCCUUCCAUGGGCUUGUUCUGGGGUUAGGAAUCUCUUCUCCAUCGUAUGUCCCAGAAGCAUCUCUCCUCAUAGCUUGAGCAAUCACUUGCUCAUUGAUUGUUACAGGAAUCCCCAUGACGUUUGAUCUAAUCUCAGUCCCAGUGAAGGCGAGUAGACCCAUUUCUUCUCUGGUUUUUCCCUCCAAAGUAGGAUCAACCAGAAUCAUCUGAGCUUCUUCCUGUUUAGCAGCAACUUUGUCAAACACUGAAGCUCUUACCCAGAAUUGUCUGACAAGCACUUCAUAAGUAGGACCGUUGAGAAGACUGAAGUAACUCAUUAGCUUCUGCUUCUUGUAGAAUCUUACCAAGUCGCAUCCAUGAUGAGUUAGAGAAGUGAAAUCCACAGGAUUUUCCGCUUGAAUGAUUAGCUCCCAUUCCUCAAUAGACAUAGUUCUUCCUUUGAUUUCAUAAGCAGGAGUAUCUAUAUCCAUAUUCGAUGAAGAACCACCGGCAGAACUUGAAGAUGCCAUUGAUUUGAAGUAGAAUUAGGGUUCUAAGGUGUUUUGAGAGGUUGAGAGAAUGUGCUUACUUACACAGAGGGUUGAGAAGAAAUUAGAAAGUGUUUGUUGUGAAGUGAGAAGUGUGUGAAAUGACUUAGUGUUUUUAUUAAAACGUUUGUAAUUCAGAGGGGACAAACAAACACAGCAUUAAUGACAAAUUGGGGGCGCGUGUAAGUAUGUUAAAAAGCGAAUAAAAACAUCAUUGCCCUUUUUGUUAUACUCCAAUACAAAUAGACCACGUCAGAGACUCUUCAGAAAACUACCUUUUGGGUAAUGGGACAGCUGUUACAUAAAGUAACUGCCAACGUUCCCACUAGCCAAGCUAUUCAGAAGCAAAGAAUAACACUUCUGAAGUUUUAGUGCUGACGUCAUCUUCAGAAGCACAUUUUCCUCAGAACCUCAGUUAAGAGCUUCUGAUGAACCAAAAUGCUUCUGAAUAAACUUCAGAACCAAACUUCUUAUUCAGAGGCAAGCAAUUUUUCAAUCAGACACAAAAUGCAUGUUCAAAUUUUUCUUAAUAAAAUCAAAUCUUUCAACAGACAAAGGUUUUGUAAAUAUAUCAGCCCAUUGAUGUUCAGUAUCAAUGAAUUGUAUAUCUAAAAUCCCUUUUUGAACAUAGUCUCUGAUAAAAUGGUGUUUGAUUUCAAUAUGCUUGGCUCUUGAAUGUAGAAUUGGAUUCUUUGACAAACAAAUAGCAGCAGUAUUAUCACAGUAAAUGGGAAUACUGUUAGCAUUAAUCUGAUAGUCUUCCAACUGAUGUUUCAUCCAAAGUAGUUGUGUGCAACAACUUGCAGCUGAAAUGUACUCUGCUUCUGCUGUAGACAUAGCAAUAGUUGCUUGUCUUUUGCUUGCCCAGGAUAUCAGAUUCUUUCCCAGGAAUUGACAAUUUCCACUGGUUGAUUUUCUUUCAAUCCUAUCACCAGCAUAAUCAGCAUCACAGAAUCCAAUCAACUUAUAAUCUAGGGAUUUCCUAUACAGGAGUCCAAGAUUAGUUGUUCCUUUCAGAUACCUGAAGAUUCUCUUAACUGCAGUUAAAUGAGAUUCUCUAGGAUCUGAUUGAAAUCUUGCACACAAGCAUACACUGAAUAAAAUAUCAGGUCUAGAUGCAGUGAGGUAUAACAGAGAACCAAUCAUACCUCUGUAUAGCUUCUGGUCUACUACUGUUCCAGUAUCUUCUUUGCUUAAGGUGCAGGUUGGAUGCAUUGGAGUGUUCAUCACUUUACAAUCUUCUAGCUUGAACUUCUUCAGAAGCUCCUUUGUAUAUUUUGUUUGAUGAACAUAUACUCCUUCUUUACUUUGGUUGAUUUGAAUUCCCAGAAAGAAUUUCAAUUCUCCCAUCAUACUCAUUUCAAAUUCAUCCUGCAUUAACUUAGAAAAUUCUUUGCAAAGAGAUGCAUUAGUAGAACCAAAUAUUAUAUCAUCAACAUAUAUUUGCACAAUCAAAAUAUCUUUCUUAAGAGUCCUUCUGAAGAGUGUUGUGUCAACUUGUCCUCUUUCAAAAUCAUUUUUAAUUAAGAAAUUACUUAGUCUAUCAUACCAAGCUCUGGGAGCUUGUUUCAAGCCAUAUAGUGAUUUCUUAAGUUUAUAAACAUGGUCAGGAUGCUUAAGAUCCUCAAACCCAGGAGGUUGUUUAACAUACACUUCUUCUUCAAUGACACCAUUAAGAAAGGCACUUUUGACAUCCAUUUGAUAUAAUAUUAUGCCAUGAUUAAUUGCGUAGGAUAGAAGUAACCUGAUUGCUUCCAAUCUUGCAACUGGAGCAAAUGUUUCAGUGUAAUCAAUGCCUUCUUGUUGACUGUAGCCUUGAGCAACAAGUCUGGCUUUGUUUCUGGUUACUUCUCCUUGUUCAUUCAGCUUGUUUCUGAAUACCCAUUUUGUUCCAAUAAUGUUCUUCUGAGAAGGUUUGGGUACCAGAUCCCACACAUCAUUCCUUUGGAAUUGAUUUAGCUCUUCUUGCAUAGCUAAUAUCCAUCCAUCAUCUGAGAGAGCUUCUUCAACAGUUUUAGGCUCAAUUAUUGAAAGCAGUCCUAUUAAUGACUCUUCUUGUCUAAAAUGUGAUCUAGUUCUUCUAGGACUAUCUUUGCUUCCAAUGAUUAGCUCCUCAGGAUGUGAAGAUUUGUGCUUGAAUUUAGGUUGUAUAACCUGCUGAGUGUUAUCUAGAAAGUCCUCAGAAGCAAUUUCAUUCUGUACUUUUGAGCUAGGUUCUGCUUCUGAAUUAGACUCAGCUUCUGGAGUGAUUUCAGCUUCUGGACUAGAUUCAACUUCUGUAUACUUUUCAGAAUCAGAAGGUUGAUCAGAUUCUGAUGCAUCUUCAGAAUCAGUUGUACCUGCAUUACUUUCACUUUGCUCUGAAGUUUUACUUCCAGGCUCUCUAUCAUCAAAUUUUACAUGCAUAGAUUCUUCAACACAUUGUGUUUCUGAAUUAUACACUCUGUAUGCCUUUGACCUUUCAGAGUAACCUAAAAAGAUUCCUCUUUGAGCCUUGGCAUCAAAUUUCUUCAGAUAGUCUUUAGUGUUUAAGAUGUAACAGGUACAUCCAAACUGAUGAAAGUAAGAGAUAUUGGGUCUUCUUCCUUUAAAGAGUUCAUAUGCUGUUUUCUCCAACAUAGGUCUGAUAUAGAUCCUAUUUUGAAUAUAACAUGAAGUAUUGACUGCUUCUGCCCAAAAAUGUUUAGCUAAGUUGUUUUCAUGGAUCAUGGUUCUGGCCAUUUCUUGUAAAGUUCUGUUCUUUCUCUCUACAACUCCAUUUUGUUGUGGAGUUCUAGGAGAGGAAAACUCAUGGAGAAUCCCAUGUUUUUCACAAAAAAGUUCAAAUGGCUCAUUUUCAAAUUCUCCACCAUGAUCACUUCUGACUUUCAAAAUUUUCAAUUCUUUUUCAGAUUGUAUUUGAGUGCAGAAGCUGCUAAACACUUCACAUGCAUAGUCUUUACUUUUAAUGAAUUUUACCCAAGUCCAUCUGCUGUAAUCAUCAACAAUGACUAAUCCAUAUUUACUUCCAUAUAAGGAUGCAGUGUUAACUGGACCAAAAAGAUCAAUAUGGAGUAAUUCUAAGGGUCUGGAGGUUGAUACAAUGUCUUUAGAUUUGAACGAACUUUUCACAAUUUUCCCUUUCUGACAUGCACCACAAAGUGCAUCUGAAUGAUAAUCAAUGUUAGGCAAUCCUUUGACCAGUUGUAACUUGCUAAUUUUAGAAAUUAAUCUCCAAUUAGCAUGUCCCAACCUUUUAUGCCAUACCCAUUUUUUAUCAUUCAUUGACAGAAGGCAAACUACCUUCUGAUCAGCCAGAUCAGAGAAAUUUAUUUUAUAGACAUUCUCAACUCUCUUUCCCUUGAAUGUAAUGGAUUUGUCAUCCUUGUUAACUAGUGUGCAGUUGGUCUUACUGAACGUUACAUCAUACCCAUUGUCACAAAAUUGACUUAUGCUCAAUAGGUUAUGCUUCAGACCAUCUACUAGCCACACAUUAUUAAUUGAGAUGGAGGAAUUACCAAUAGUACCUGUACCAAUGAUCUUUCCAGUUUGGUUGCCACCAAACUUCACUUCUCCUCCAUCUUUCAUUGUAAGGGUAAGGAACAAAGCUUUCUCUCCAGUCAUGUGCCUUGAACAUCCGCUGUCUAGGUACCAUGACCUUUGUUUCUCUCUUGCCCUUAAGCACACCUGCAUUUUUGGCCAAUUCAGAUUUAGGUACCCAUAUCUUCAUGGGUCCUUUUGGGUUAGCUUUGGAGGUUUUACUUUUCCUCCCUUGUACCUUAGGGUGAAUGCUGAGUGGCUUCUGAUCAUUCAAUACUUUAGGUUUGACACCUUUUGGUAUUGUUUUCUCAGAAGCAGUAGCUGCUUUGUUCUUCUGAUCCUUUUGUUUUGGAAUUUUAGAUUCUGGUUUAAUCAGAUUCUGAUGAACAGGUUCUGAUCUUUUCAGAAUUUUAAUCUUUUGACUCUUAGGAUCAGAUUUUGUCAUUACCUUGAUCUUAAGAUUCUCUGGCUUUGAUGUGAUCUUAGCCUGUGAACCUGAAGCUUCAGGUUUUGACUGAACAUCAGUUAUAGCAUUUGUACCUUCAGGCACAAAGGUGGAUUUCAAUCCAUCCUUGAUACAAUCACAGUAGCUCUUGAGACUGUAUUCUUUGGAUUUCUCCUCAGAAUAUCCAAUCCCUUUGCCUUUGUUCUUGUAUGUGCUGUAGAUCAUAGAAGCAACUUUGCUUCUGUCUAUUCCAGCCAUAAUAAAAUCAUCCAAGGCAAUCUCAUGUUUAUUGCCUGAACCUUUAUCACAUUUUUCUUGUAGCUUCUGACAAAGACUCUUGAGUCUAUCUUCAUAUGUUGUUGAUAUGAGGUUAAACCCUUUGAGUUCUUCUUCAGAAGCUUUCAGUUCCAAUAGAGUUGACUUUUGUUGUUUCAUCAAAUCAACAUAUUUUUCUUUUAAAUCUGUCAACUCAUUGGUUCUGUGUUCAAACAGUGAUAAAAGUUCUUUUAGAGAAUCAACAAGUUCUUGUCUAGGGAUUUUGGAAUAUACCUCAUUUUCAUCUUCUGAAUCUGAUUCAGCUUCUGAUACUGCUUCUGAUGAUACUGUUGCCACUAACCCAACAGCUGCCUUAGCAUCAUCAUCAGCUUCUUCUUUAUCAGAACCAGAUUCACUAUCCAAAUCUUCCCAGGUCGCCAUCAAGCUCUUUUUGAUUUGCUUUCUGAAUUUACUGGAAUUGAAGCUUGAUUUCUUGGAUUUGCCUUUAAACUUCUCCUUCUGAAGAUCAGGGCAAUCAGCAAUGAAAUGACCAGGCUUCUUACAAUUGAAGCAUCCCUUCUGAUCUUCUUUCUUGGAGUUCUUGUAGCUACCUCUCUUGCUCAAAAAUUUCUUCUGCUUCCUUGCCAGAUACUCAAGCUUGUUGGACAACAUAGCCAUUUUUACAGAUUGAUCUUCAUCAGAAUCUCCAUCAGGUGAUUCUUCUUCAGAUUCACUGGCUUUGUAGGCUUUGGAAGAUUUUGAGAUCUUUCCUUUAGAUGGUAAAGCAAUGGAUUUACUCUUCUUAGAGGUUUCAUGCUCAUUUAAACUCAUUUCAUGCACUUUGAGUGAGCUAACAAGAUCUUCAACACUUAAAGUAUUUAGAUCCUUAGCUUCCUCAAUAGCAGUUACUUUGGGUCUCCAUCUUGAAGGUAAGCUUCUCAAAAUCUUACUAACAUGAUCAGAAGCAACAUAGCUUUUCUUCAGUAUUUGCAAUCCAGAAACUAAAGUUUGAAAUCUUGAGUACAUUUCUUCUAUACUCUCAUCAUCCUUCAUUCUGAAAAGUUCAUACUGAUGAACUAGCAUCAAAGCUUUAGCCUCUUUUACUUUCUUGCUGCCUUCAAAGUUUGCACAUAGAGAAGCAAACAUAGCCUUCGCAGUAGAUUUGUCACUCAUUUUCAUGUAUUCGGUGCGAGGUAUAGAAGCCACAAUAAUCCCUCUGAUUUUGUGGUGCUUCUUGUAAAGCUUCUUCUGAGCAGGAGUAUGUAUUUUUCUAUCUAUAGCAGCUCCUUCUUCAUCUAAAUCCAGGUCAUCAACUCCAUCUUCCAGUAUGUCCCAUAACUCUUCAUCUAAUCCCAUGAUAAAGCUGUACAUAUUAGUUUUCCACCAAGAAAACUCUUCUGGAUCUCCAUUAAACCUUGGAGCUUUUCCAGAGUCUGUUUUCUUGUCAGCAGUAUCAUAGUCAUGCUUGACGCUUGUGUAUUUUGGAGUAACUGAUUCCUCAUCUCCAGACAUGUUUUUCUAAUAGAUCUUGAACUGUAACACGGUUAAGUGCUGUGAUAACAGAGCAAGCUCUGAUACCAAUUGAAGGUGAAAAACACAAGAAGGGGGGGUUGAAUUGUGUUUUCUUUUUCUCUUAAAAAAUACUUCUUCUGAUAAAACUUCAGAAGCAGUUUGAUUGCUUCUGAUGAAAUGAUCAGAGUCAGAUUGCAGCGGAAAAGAACAGAGCAGAGAAAAGAAAGACAAAGACACAAGCAGUUAUCCUGGUUCCUUCCACAACACGGAAGUAGUCCAGUCCCCCUUGCACUUCCAAGGAGAUUUCACUAUAAUCACAAAGAUUACAACUGCUCAAUACUUUCUAAGUAUGAGACUUCACAAAACUAUGCUCAAGCACACACGCAAGAGUCUUCCAAUGCUCAAGCACUAAGCAAGAGACUUCUAAUGCUCAAGCACGCAGGCGAGAGACUUCUAAUCAAACAAAAAUACAGAGAAUUGAGUUUGAAUUGAACACUUGAUAUACAAUCAGUGGUGUUCACAAUACAAUACAGAAAAGACUCUAGACUUUGAAUUUCUAAGAUGUAUCAAAUCAGUGCAGAAAUUCAGUGUGCUUUGUAGAAUCAAAUUGACAGAGUUUUGGCGCUUUUUUUAACUUAUGUAUUUCUCUCUUUUAUCUUCAAGUCUUCACUCCUUUUUAUAGAGGCGUGAAAGAGACGUUGAGAUAAUCAGCACGUCUAAAGAGUCGUUUGAAAUCCUUUGAUUAUCCACCAGUGAUCCUUUGCCUGAUUUGGGUGUAGUCCUUUGAAGAAUAAACUUCAAAUUCCUUCCCAUCUUGAGUGUACAAUUCUGCAGGCAUGGCUGUUGUUUUGUCUUGUAGCGUAGACAGAAAACAGAGUAGUGGAGGUAGUGGUUGUACACUUGUACUUUGUCAACUCUAUUAACGAGAGACAAGAGCUUAGUGCUAUCCAUAUAUCCGUUGAUACCUCCCUUUCAAUUCUUCGUUCUUCUUUGAUAAGACUGAAUUGAAAAUCAGCUACUUUGAAUCUUCAGUUUGAUUAAAGGAUCAAAUGUAGCUUCUGGUGAAGAUAUUGAUUCUGAUGAAAACUUUUGCUUCUGAUGACUUUCUGCUUCUGAUGACGUCAUCUCUUCAGGAGCAGUUUAGCUUCAGGAGCAGUUUUCUUCAGAUGCUCAGAAUUUCUUUUUCUUUCCAUUGUUCUUCCAAGACCUAUUGAAAUGACUUGAGUAGCCUUUGGUCCUGUACACUUGAACAAUUAUUAGUAAUAACCAAUUGACAAUUUUUAAUACCUUGUUAUCAUCAAAACUCAAUAAGGUUCAUUGUGAAACACAUUUUGUUCCAACAGAACUGUUUUUUCAAUAUCAUACCCACCAAUACAAAACUGAGCUUCACUACUUAAGAUCCCUAUUCUGUAAAACUUGUCAAACAAACAAUAUUACCUUCAGUGAAGUGAACACACAGUGUAAGCUGAUGGUCCUCCUUCCACACCCCCAAAUUAAUUUCUUGUAUCAAAUGACAAAUUGGGCAGGAGUCAGAAUUUACCAAAUUGAGAAUACUAACGUAGAGCUGCACUAAUAUAUUUACAUUACAGAAUACUAAUGUAUCCAAUUAGUAACACUGCAUAUUCUCUAAUAUAUUCACAAUGUAGGAAGUAAGGAAUAUGGAACACAAGAAGAUACAUUUUGGCAAUACUUUAGUAUCUCUGAUAUGUCUUGGAGAAUACAUUUUGUGAUCAAUGGAUUGGAAAUUACUUUCAGUGAGAUCAUUUUGGGUCUUGUAUUUGAUACAUUCUGCAUAAUAAAGAUACUAGUGCGAGUGUCACAUUUUAUUUUGAUUUGUAUUAAGACAUUGAAAAUUGGCAGUCAUAAAUUUUCUUUGUAUAUGACUGGAGAUUGAGUACCAACUAAGUUAUAGUGUUUCAUUGAUUAAAUAAUCAAUAACUUUUUUUUUUGGUCAGGUAAAAUAAUCAAGGGUUAAUUAAGUUUUUAGUCCCUAUAAAUAUUCACAGUUUUGUUUUUAGUCCCUACAAAAUAAAAUCAUACUUUUUAGUCCUUAUAAAAUUUUCCAUCAACAUUUUUAGUCCCUAUAAAAUUUUCCAUCAGCAUUUUUAGUCCCUAUAAAAUUUUUCCAUCAGCAUUUUUAGGCCCUAAAAUGCUUAAGGAAAAUGUCACAAGGACUAAAAAAUGUGAUUUUAUUUUAUAAGGACUAAAAACAAAACUGUGAAUAUUUAUAGGGACUAAAAACUUAAUUAUACAUUUUACUUUUUUUGUGAGUGCUUAAAUCUUGUGACCAUAAUAAUACUCUCACCACUAAAUGCAUUAAACAAUAAAACAAGUGUGGACCCACAAAGAGCUGGCUAUCGUUUUUUAUGCUUAAUCAAACGCUUCCCAACAAUUGUACCAGCUAGUGGUGACUAUAUAUAUUAAAAAAUGUUGAUGUAAAAUAUACAAUAAAAGAGACAAAAAGUCAGUCAAUAAAAGAAACUCACCAUACAUUUCAUUUUUUUUAUUCAACUCAUCACAGUCCACCCUCUUCCAUUUUCAUUCAACCACGUUAGAUCAAUCUAAAUAAUGGCUGAGGCCUUACUUGGUGAUGCGUUUGAUAAUUUAUUGUCUCUUGUUCAAAAUGAAUUUGCAGUCAUUUCUAGAAUCAAGUUCUACUCCAAGAUAUAUUGGGUCAUCUGCUAUUAGGUUUUUCGUAAUCGGAUCAUCCAUCAUUUAUGUCUACGACUGGUUUGUAAGGUGAUACCAUCUUAUAUAUCCACCCACUAUUUAUGUCCAUGAACUAAACUCAAUAGUGUUGGUCGUGAGAGGGUGUAUCACCUUACAACCCGGUAUUGUGGGGUUGCGCCCACAUUGUAAUACUACUUUAAUCAAUAAUGAAAAGCUAUAAACUUAUUUCUUUAAAAAAAAAAUGAGUGAUGAGGUGUCGACGAAAAAAUUUGGGGUCUAAUUUAAUAAAGAUAAUAGAGAGAUAAACAGAUCCUUUAAAAAAAAAAAAUAGAUAAAACUUGUUCCAGAAAUGCACAAAAUUAAAUUAAAGGUAUAAAACAAAUUACAUGUAGCCUGAGUUAGUAUGAUUGAACAAAGUUUGAUAUUUCUUUUAAGAGUUUUAUUGAACUGAGCCCAAGCUAGUAUGUAAUUAAAAUACCAAUGACAUGAGAUUUCAAAAACAAAUAUCAGUGAAUGACCAUCUUAAACCAGAACUGGAAUGAAAUUUUACAUUUAAUCAAAUAAAUAGAAUGUAAAACAAAUACAUAUGACAUCAUAACUGUCCCAAAAGAUACCUCAAAUUUAUUAUAAAGUAAAUUUUAUUAGUGUUCAUGUAUGAAAACAAAGAAAUUAAAUAAAAUUCUUUCCAACAAUUAUACAUGCCAGUAGGGACACCCCAUCUCUUAAUGGACCCCGAUCAAUAAUAAUGGAACCUUGCAAGCAAGUUGCAUAAAUUUGUGGUUAAAAAUAUGCCUACUUGAAUGUUUGCUCACAAUUAUUGAUCACCUAGUUGCCGACUUCCUACUACCAUUGCAUUUAUUCUCAAAGUUCUUCAUUCUGUUUACUUUUAACACUCAGUCAAUCUAAAACCAAUUUCUCAUUUACUUAUCUUUUCAACUCUUUCUUUUACCAAAAAAUGGCUGAUGCGUUGAUCGGAGUUGUGUUUGAUAACUUGAAGUCUCUCCUACAAAAUGAAUUUGCAACCAUUUCUGGAAUCAAGUCAAAGGCUCAAAAGCUGUCAGACACCUUAGAUAUGAUCAAAGCCGUUCUUGAAGAUGCUGAGAAGAAACAAGUCACAGACUGCUCUAUUAAGGUAUGGCUGCAACAACUCAAAGAUGUUGUUUAUGUGCUCGAUGAUAUCCUUGAUGAGUGCUCGAUCAAGUCUAGUCGACUGAGAGGAUUAACCUCUCUCAAGUUUCGCCAUGAGAUCGGUAACAGGUUGGAAGAGAUUAACGGGAGGUUGGAUGAUAUUGCUGAUAGGAGGAAGAAGUUUUUUCUGCAGGAAGGUACUGGAACUGUUCGGGAAAGCCCAAAUGACGUAGCUGAAUGGCGUCAAACCAGCGCUAUUAUUACUGAACCAAAAGUGUUUGGACGAGAAGACGAUAAAAAGAAGAUUAUCCAGUUUCUUCUCACCCAAGCAAAGGACUCCGACUUCCUUUCCAUCUAUCCCGUUUUUGGGUUAGGUGGUCUUGGAAAAACCACUCUUCUUCAAUCGGUCUACAAUGAUGUUACCGUGAGUAGCAAUUUUAAUACUAAAGUUUGGGUUUGUGUUUCUGAGAAUUUCUCUGUCAACAGGAUUUUGUGUUCCAUUAUACAAUUUAUCACAGAAAAGAAGUAUGAUGGCUUUGAUUUAAAUGUAACACAGAAAAAGGUGCAGGAAUUGUUACAAGGUAAAAUAUAUUUGCUAGUUUUGGAUGAUGUGUGGAAUCAAAAUGAACAAUUGGAAUCAGGGUUAACACGAGAGAAAUGGAACACAUUGAAAUCUGUGUUGUCAUGUGGAUCCAAAGGUAGUUCCAUUUUAGUAUCCACUCGUGAUGAGGUUGUUGCAACAAUCACAAAAACAAGGGAAACUCACCGUUUAUCUGGUCUCUCCGAGGAUGAAUGUUGGUUGUUGUUCAAACAAUAUGCAUUUGGACAUUAUAGAGAAGAGAGUACAAAGCUUGUGAAAAUAGGAAAGGAGAUUGUAAAGAAAUGUAAUGGAUUGCCUCUUGCAGCGAAAGCAUUGGGAGGUUUAAUGAGCUCAAGGAAUGAAGAAGAGGAAUGGCUUGAAAUUAAAGAUAGCGAGCUUUGGGCCUUGCCACAAGAAAUUUUGCCUGCUUUGAGGUUGAGUUACUUUUAUUUAACACCAACUCUAAAACAAUGUUUCUCUUUUUGUGCUAUAUUUCCCAAAGAUGGAGAAAUCCUGAAGGAAGAAUUGAUUCAGCUCUGAAUGGCUAAUGGAUUUAUUGCAAAGAGGAAAUUAGAGGUUGAAGAUGUUGGAAACAUGGUUUGGAAGGAAUUGUACCAAAAAUCAUUUUUUCAAGACAGCAAAAUGGAUGAAUAUUCUGGAGACAUUUCUUUCAAGAUGCAUGAUCUUGUCCAUGAUCUCGCUCAAUCAGUAAUGGGGCCAGAAUGUAUGUAUUUGGAGAACAAAAACAUGACCAGUUUGUCAAAAAGCACACACCACAUUGGUUUUGACUACAAAGACUUGUUAUCCUUUGAUAAGAAUGCUUUCAAAAAAGUUGAAUCCUUGAGAACAUUGUUUCAGUUGAGUUAUUAUGCCAAAAAAAAACAUGAUAACUUCCCAACAUACCUUUCUCUUCGGGUUUUAUGCACAUCCUUUAUCCGGAUGCCAUCACUAGGGAGUUUAAUUCAUUUAAGGUAUUUGGAACUUCGUUCUCUUGACAUCAAAAAUUUGCCUGACUCAAUUUACAACCUAAAAAAGCUGGAAAUCUUGAAAAUAAAACAUUGUCGUAAACUGAGUUGUCUCCCAAAACACUUGGCUUGCUUACAAAAUCUUAGACAUAUAGUCAUUAAAGAAUGUCGGUCUUUGUCUCUCAUGUUUCCUAACAUUGGAAAAUUAACUUGUCUAAGAACAUUAAGUGUGUAUAUUGUUAGUUUAGAGAAAGGGAAUAGCUUGACAGAGUUACGUGAUCUAAACCUCGGUGGAAAACUGAGUAUCCAACACUUAAACAAUGUUGGCAGUUUAUCUGAAGCUGAAGCGGCUAAUUUGAUGGGUAAAAAAGACCUUCAUGAAUUAUGCUUGUCAUGGAUAUCCCAACAUGAAUCUAUAAUUAGUGCUGAGCAAGUACUUGAAGUGCUUCAACCUCACUCAAAUCUCAAGUGCUUGAAAAUAAGUUUCUAUGAGGGAUUAUCCUUACCAAGUUGGAUAAUUCUUCUUAGUAAUUUAAUUUCUCUUGAACUUCGGAAUUGCAACAAAAUUGUGCGGCUUCCGUUACUUGGUAAACUACCAUAUCUAAAAAAACUGGAAUUAUUCGAAAUGGAUAAUCUGAAAUACUUGGAUGAUGAUGAAUCUGAGGAUGGUAUGGAGGUGAGGGUUUUCCCAUCUCUAGAGGUACUCCAAUUAUCUUGUCUACCAAACAUAGAGGGGUUAUUGAAAGUGGAAAGAGGGGAGAUGUUUCCUUGUCUUUCUAGUUUGGAUAUCUGGAAAUGCCCUAAACUUGGACUGCCAUGUCUUCCAUCUCUUAAAGACCUCUUUGUAUGGGAAUGUAACAAUGAGUUACUGAGGUCAAUCUCUACCUUCCGUGGUCUUACUCAGCUUAAACUAAUUCACGGUUUCGGAAUAACAUCCUUCCCAGAGGGGAUGUUCAAAAACCUUACUUCUCUUCAAUCUCUGUCUGUAAAUAGUUUCCCACAAUUGGAGUCCUUACCAGAGACAAAUUGGGAAGGUCUUCAAUCCCUUCGAUUUCUAAAGAUUCAUAGAUGUGAAGGAUUGCGAUGCUUGCCGGAGGGUAUUCGACACCUCACUUCUCUUGAGGUUUUGAAUAUUUAUAAAUGUCCAACAUUAGAGGAACGAUGCAAAGAGGGAACAGGGGAGGAUUGGGACAAGAUAGCUCAUAUUCCAAAAAGAGUGAUUUUUUAGAAUGAAGAAGGGCAGAGACGUUUACCCUUAUCUGCCUCAAUCACCAUCGCAAAAAUCAAUUUUACUGGUAGGAUCUCUAUUUCCCCCUAAAAUACACCCUUCUUAUGUUUGGAUUUUAAGUGAUUAAUUUACUCGAAUUUUAUUAAAAAAUCGUUAUAUAUUCUCAUUAUAGGAUGAUUUGCAGGCUUUUCUGUUGAGUUCUUUUGAACGCAUCCCCCAAAAGAUAUAUGUUCUAAUAUUCUAAUUCAGGUAAUUUUCUUCAUCAUAGUUUAUUUAUUUUUUUAAUUUCCUUUUUGAUUUUUGAUUUCAUUUUUAAUUUUGCUGAUUUCGUGGAGAUUGAAUUGAAUGGUUAGGAUUGCUUUCGACACACAGGGAUGGGGUCGACAGAUAAAUGGAUUAACCGGAACAAACGUACCUAAUGAUGAAGAGAACAUCUUUUGGAGUGGAGGAGGUGACAACGAGUCCAGUCGUGGCAUCGAGGAUUGCGAUUUUGAUUAUCAGGGUGUGGGUAGGAGCUCAAUGCCCAUUAGCGAGUCUGAUCAUCAAGGUUUAUUCCAUUUUUAUAAGUUUUUGUUGGUCUUCUUUAUUUAAGUUAUAUGUUGUUUGGCUUCCUCUUUGCUUAGUUUUGAUAAUAAUUUGCAGAAAUAAAAGUUUUUGAAUGUAAUUAUAUGGGUUGGUGUCAUAUCAGUAUCUAAACAUCAGACAUGUCAUCGAUGUGAAGUUUUGAGUAUAGGUGAAUGAUUGUUUGGUGCAGAACAAAGGUUGCAAUUACUUUGAUGGAUCAUUUAGGUUCGAAAAAGGCUCAUGUUUUUGGGCACUCAAUGGGUUUCUAUUUUGUGUGUUUUUUUGUCUGUUUUACUUUUUGAUUUAGUUAAAAUUCAGAUGGUCUGUCCUACGAUUUGGUUAGGUUAAGUUUUUUUGUUUGUGUUUAUUUUUAAAUAUGUUUGCCUAUUGAAACAGGAUCUAUGAUAGUUUGUAAAAUAGCAGCAACAGUUCUUGAUAGAGUUCUCUCCUUGGCUUUGCUAAAUGCAAUGAGUGGAGGUUUUCAAUGUUUUCCAGAGGUAUUGUCCCUUUCAUAAUUCUAUGAAAUGUUUUGAUUUAUUUUUACAGCACUAUGAUUAGAGCAUUGAUGACGCAAUUUUGUAAGACUUUUUGAAUAGAAACUUAGUUUAGGAUGAGUGGACUUGCAUACAUAAUAAGUAUAAUUUCUUAGUACUGAUUUUAGUUGAUCCUUUAGGAGAAAUUUAGUUGAGAAUUAUCUUUCUAUGGUUUAAGUCAGAAUUUUGUUAAGAAUUUCGUAGUACUGAAAUUUUGCUGGUACGUUAUUUGCAGAUUUUUAAGGAAUAUUGACGGGUGUCGAUGCAUGCACCAAACUCUUUGGCCAACCUGUGAAGGAUUAAACUUUUUCUUGGUUGCAUAUUUGAUCUCUAGGUAUUUCUUAAGACAGUUAUCUAGACGAACCUAUAUUGUAUGCUAGUUUUAUCUCUUCUCUGGAUCGUCUUAUCACCAUAUAUUACUUUCUAAUUUAAAUUUCUAUAUGCAGGAAUCACUUGCUUUCUCAGUUUCUAUGUGUAAUGUCUAUGGGUAAAAUUAUCAUCGACAGAACAGCAACUCCAGCAUUUUGUCACAGGCAACCUAUUAUGCUGUGUUUGUUAAUGUUACAAAUAAAAAUUCUUGGUUCAUGCUAUUAGCCAGGUGUGUAUACAGCUCUUCAUUAGGAAGGUGUCAUUGUAUUCAUGAUUCUAGUUUGACUUGGAUAUUCAUGUUAUUUAAUUAUGUUUGUGUCUGAUAGACAUGUUGUGGAAAAUAUGGAGAAGAUCUACAAAGAAAGUUUUUACGAUUUCUGAAGUUCCCCAUGAGUUGAUUGAGCUUCUACAAAAUACAACACAAUUAUGCAUUUAUUUGAAACUUCAUUCUGCGAUUUUGGUAAAAGUUCACUUGACUCCGUAUCUCAAAAUAUUCAGCUUUUCGUGGAUGAUCCAGAUGUUUGAUCACGUAAAGGUAAACCUGGGCCAUUCUUCAGUUCCUAUAAUAUUUUAACACAUAUUGUUUGUUUUCAUUUUAAAUUCAUAUAUUCAUGAAAACAUGCAGGCGAUGAUGGUCUUUCAUGUAUGAGAUGUUUAUGGAAGAGUUGGCAUUUCAAGUUUAAUCAGCCUAAACACCAAUAUUCAGAAUUGGCGAUUUUCUUAAGCAUAUUUUUGGAGUAAAGUUUGCUGCAGAAGUUUUCAAUUUCAGUUAACUGAUAGAUCUUUGCCUGUAAUGGUUGUAGAAGAUUGAGAUGCUUUCCUUAGGGUACUCGAAACCACACCUCACUUCUCUCGAGGUUCUGAAUAUUCAUCAUUCUCCAACAUUAAAGGAGCGAUGCAAGAAGGAGACAUGGGAGGAUCGGGACAAGAUAUCUCAUAUUCCGGAAUUACGCAGUUGAUUUGGUGUUUCUGCUUCUGGCUUGCCACAUUUCCACCUGAAUUGGUAGGCUCUCUAAUCUCCCUCCGUCUUUAUUUCUAUUGACUGUGUUUCUUACAGGGCAGUAACAAUUUCUUGGUAGUCUCUUUGUAGGAUAUGCCUCUCAUGUCUCUUGACUUUGGUUUCCUUGUUAUGCGACUUUAUCUUUUGGCUAUCAUAGGUAAGUUUGGAUUAUCUUAUUUCCUUACUUCUUAUCAGUGCAGUAACAUGUCCUGAAUAUCCUUUUUUUAUUUCGGGCAUUGAAAUAUAUAAUGGCAUGUUUAGCCAUUACGAAUUUAUCACUGUAACAAUAUUUCUCAACAUUUUGAAAAGGCUUGCCUCCAUUAGGGCUAUUUAGGUUGUUGGCUUCUUGAUUUUGAUGACUGACUGUAAUUUCUAGUCAGAACAAUUACUUGAAGCUUUUUGUUUGUCUCUUGAACAUCUUUAUGCCGAGCUGUCUGAUAUCAAAUAUGCCACAUUGAAUACACAUUCCAUUGAACCACAUGCUUGGAUUUUAUGCUCUCAAUUGAAUGGAUUUUCAUUCAAAACAUUGUUGCAUUCGUUGGAGUGAUUUUCAGGCUUUUGUUGAAUUCGUUGGAACCCUUUCCGAAGAAUGAGUACUGGAGAGCAUGAAAGAUCUUUCAUUGUUAAACCUUAGGGGAAAUAUACAAAUAAUCGCGCAGGUAAUGUAUUAGGACUUAUGUAUUCUUAUCAUAAUAAGCCUUUUCAUUUUGAGCAGCAAGUUGUUGAUCCUGAUAUUCACUUCAAUUACAUUAAAGUAGCUGCUAAAACUGGACAAAUUAAGGUGUAGAGAAUGUAACAUGGGAAUCGAUUAAUGUUUUAUUUAGAUGACAAAGAACUGUAUGAUGAAAGCCAAGCUUCCGGAUAUUUACUUCAAAUACGUUGAAAGGUAAAGUUUUUGGUUGCGGUUGUAUUUAAUUUAGAAUCAUUCUUUGACAAUCUUAAAUGUCCAUUUUUCUAAGAUUAUAUUUCUUGCUUCUAGGUCAAUCGAACAAAUUCUGCUAUAGUUGUCGGGAAAUUGUUAGAUGAUGAAUACUUUGAGCUCAUUCUCUUGUUCCCAUUGAACCAUUGGUUAAAGAAUGUGAGAAGAGCUAAUUUUCUCUCUUCCCUGCAUGUGCUGGAAUCACUUGCUUAUUACACUGUUGUUGGAACAUAUAUUGAGUGAGGGAAGCAAAGACAUUAGUUGAUUGAGCUUCUUCAACAGAUAGUGCUGCACAGUUCUCCCUUUGGUUGAAGCUUCAAUUUGCUUUCUUAUGUAAAUUAAGUUAUAAGAUAGCAACUUUUUGUCAGAAAAUUCUGCUCUAUAUAUUAACAUGAAACAAUUUACUUUCAUUCACAUGAUGUAUCGGAGUUUACAGUCUCAUUAUUGUUUCAAUUAUUGUUAGUUAACCAUUUAUGUAUUUGGAUUUACACUGUAAUUUACUUUCGUUCACAUGAUAUAUUUGGCUUGUUCUUAUUCAUACCAAAAAAAAAUGGAUCAGUUUAGUUUACCAUCUUUUUAUUUGUAGCAUCUUUUUAUAUAACUUAUAAUAGCGUUUGAACUUAUAAAAUACUAUUUUUCGUUUAUUUAUACCCUUAUUAUCUUAUUGUGAAAAGAAUAUAUUAAUUAAAAAAAUAUCCUUUCAUAUUUCUUUUUUUUUUUUUACAAAAUUGUCAUUUUAUAUUUUUUUUAGUUAGUUCAACGGUUAAUUUUAUCACAUACUUCAAAUAAAAUCAAUAAGUUUAUCUUUUUUUUUUGUUGACAAAACUAGUUUAUCUGUUAUUAAAUUGCUUAUCUAUUAACCGCUAUAAACUCAUCAUAGAGCACCUAGAUAUCAACCACCGGCUAGUUUUUACCAAAUAGAGCAUUAGUUUUUUUUUUUUAAGAAGUUAAAAUGAAAUUUUUCAAAACGCAAAGAAUCCUAACUAGCACGAGAAAUACUAAGCUAUGAGACUUAAAUAGCAACAUACAAAGAAAAAGUGUGCCAUACGCGAAACACUCAAACAAACACUCAUAUAUCAAAUACAAACGUCUACAAACAAACCAAAAACACCCUCCACUAAGGGCCUCCGAAACCAAUAAAAACUAAACACCAAAACCAUAAAGUCAUCUCCCAAAAACAAACUCUAAACGCCCUCUAAAAUAACCUUCAAACCUACCAAAAAAUCGUGCAACCGUACCUUGCUUCUCUUCUGCAGUUGAGCGCAAUUAAGCACGGGUUGAUUAUAUAUCUCACACUACGUGUUGCGGGUUGAAUGUCCACGCCCUUGUGGUGCAUACUUGCAGGUUGAUGACGCAUAUUUGCCGUGAGUUUUUCAAGGAUGGAUUUGGUGCCUACUCGUAUUUUACCGCUUACUUUUGGAGUCUUGUUUAGUGGUGCUGUGAUUAAGACGGUGUGGGGUUUUUAUGUUAUUAUUGUUUUAUUGGUGGAACCUUUGCGUUCAUUUUGAUGAUGUAUCUUGAGAUAUGAUAUUUACUCUAUGUUGUUGAGAUUUUAUUUUUCUCCAUCAUACCAAGAACCAAUGAUACAAAAUAUAAGGAAACUCGCAUCUAUGUUGUUCCUCGUUCUAUUUGUCAGCCAGAUCACUAUCAUGAACUGAGAUAAUUUAACCUACACUCAGGGGCGGAGCCACCCCCCAGCUAGCCUGGGCUAGUGCCCAGGCUCGGCUCCAACUUUCUUUGUAGCAAGCCCAACUAUUACUAGAAUUUUUAGCUUUUUCUGCGGAUUUUUGUGUAAAUUCCGCAGGAAACACAUUUCCUGCAGAUUUUGCCAAGGAUUUAGGUUCCGCAGGAAAGAUAUAUCCGUAGGAAAUGUGAAAUUAUCUGCAGAAAAUGUGAAAUUAUUUGCAGGAAGAAAGCAACGUUUUGCGAUAAAUUUUUUGCCCAGACUCUGUAAAAUUCCUGGCUCCACCACUACCUACACUGGUUGCACAAAAAUUGUUCCAACAACAAUAUGAGGUAUAGAUUCCUCAAGAUUAAUUAUAUCUCCCACAUGAGGAGUAGUUACCUUUUCUUUAGAACUUAUUAUAUCAAUAAAAACAAGAACCUUUCAACAUGCAUAAUUGAUAGUUUCGUACCCCAAUUUUUGACCUAGGAACCUACAUUCAUACACCGUCUGACUCAGAAUAUUCUCUGGUUUUUCAAAAAAAAUCGGCAGAAAAGUAUUUUAAAAUACCUCAUCUUUGUACCGAUUCCGACCCCUCUUCUCACUUUUUUAUCUUUUUUAUUUUCUUAGUCUUUUAGUUUUAUCUUACCUUUUAUUUUCCAUCUUUUAAUUUUAUUUUACUUUACAUAAUUUAUUUUAAUUUGUUUUUAUUUUAUUUCGUAUUAGAUUUAUUUUAUUUAUUUCUUUUUUAAUUAAUUAGUGUCCAAAAAAAAAAACAAAGUGUCAAUAGGUCCAAAAAUAAAAUGUCCAAGGUCUAAAAAAAAAUUCAAGUCAAGUGUCAACUUUAACAUUCCUUUUUCAAAAUUCACCAUAAUUGUUCAUCAUUUCCAUUAAACCAAUUUUUCAUUUUUCAUCAACCUCCUCACCUAUAAAUAGAGCCCUUAUUCCACACAAUUUCACACACCAAAAGUUCUCUUGAGUUGUCAAAGAACUUUUCUCUCUUCUCCCUACUUAGCUUGUGUUGACGAGCUAUUCUUUUCUUCUCCCUCUUUUUUCUGCCCCUUCGGAAUUUUGUCCCUUCGGUAAUUUUGUCCCUUUGAAAUUUUGUCCCUUCGGUAAUUUUGUCCCUUCGAAUGUCCCUUUCUUUUAUUUUAUUUUAUUUAUUCCCCUUUUAUAUAUAUUUAAAAAAAUGCAAAAAAUAUUAGGUUAGAAAAGGGUUUUUCGUGGUGAUCCAACGUCACUACGAAAAUUCCUCGUGCUUUUAUUUUCUUGUUACGUUAGUUUACUUUUAAUUUUUUAAUUAAUAUCAAAAACAAGAAAAACAUUCAAAUAAUCAAAAAUCACAAAAUAUUUUCAUAAUAAACCUUGAUUUUCAAUCAAGUGGUCGUUCUUUUUAUUUUCUUUCUUAAUCAAACUUCAAAUCAAUUUUAAUUCUACUUUGAGUCAUUUUUCUUUCAAUAUAAAAAACACGAACAAAUUCUUUUUGACACUUGGCUUUUCUCUUUAAAACUUUUUUCAAAACUAAUAAAAACCACAAAACCAAUCAAACGUCAAUUUCUACCCCGAACUACGAGGUUUUGAUCCCUUACGGGUACGUAGGCAAAGGACCAUGUCCUUCCAAAUCAAUAAAAAAAUGUAAAUAAAAAUGUUCCUUUUCCUUUUAUCACUUUAAUUCCUUCUUUUAGAAAGCAAGCAAGUUUAAGCACAAAAAGUUAAAUAAAAUCAAGAGGUUCUCGUAGAGUACUACGAAUAUUUAGGGUGCUAACACCUUCCCUAAAUAUAACCAACCCCUGAACCCUUAAUCUUUAAAAAUGUGGUAUUUAAACCUUUUUCCACUUUCUUUUGAAAAAAUUAAAAGUUCAGUCGCGAAAUAAAAAAUGAGUCAAAACUAAUCAAAUAGCUUGACCUCCGAAAAAUUACACGAGAGAUAGGAACUAGACUUGUAAGAAGUGUGGUGUCACUUCAUCAAUUUUCUCAGCUUUAGUAUUUAAUGUGGUAAGCUCAGAAAAUGUCUUCACUUUGUGUUACUUGUGCACAACUACUGAACUUGCAGAAAUAAUUUUUUAGAGUCUUAAUAUUUUUAAUUCUUAUAAGAUUAUCCAAUUAUCUUACAUGAGUUGCAGAAAGGUGGAAUUUUCGCAUGCUCAACAUCCACAUAAAAAUCAAAUUCAUUCCUUUUCAACAAAAAUUCAUUCACGCGAAUUCAAAAUUUAAAUCAACAUAUAUAUAUUAACACUCGUGCAAAGUGGCUGAUUUCCUCAUAAUAGUUGCCUCAUCAAAAGUCAAAGGAAUGUCGAAAACCCCCUAGAUUUUCAAACAAAAUUUUAGCGUCUAACAUUCGCGAGUAAGUCCAUAAAUGUGUACUAUCCAUAGUUAGGUCUUAGUUUGGUGCACUAUUUAAGGAUUAAACCCAAUAGUCCAAACUAUAUUCUAAGUAAACCUGGUGAAAGGUUCCAGGAUCAUAUGGUUCUUACAAGACAUAAAUUACACCAUGGAUUAGAGAGCACUUUUUUUUCCACAACCUUAAGAUUCUUCCAUUCAAUUCUAGCAUGAAAGCUAGGGAAAACCCCUUUGGAAAAAGUGAACCGUUUGUGGAUAUUUUGACAAUCUAGAACACCUUUGACCCAUGAGAACUCUUCGCUGAUCUAUCAUUUGAAGAUCUGAAAUAAAAGCUCACUUUCUUCGAUUCCCACAAUAUUUCACACAAAAAUUCAUAUAUAACUUCCAUAUAUUUUUUCUUUAUACAAACUCAAUAUGAAAUUCCCCGAAUGGAUUUUCCAUUUCCAUAAAGAAUAUAAUUGACAACUUUGAGUUCCAGAUUAUCCCUUUCCUGGAAUAGAUCUCGGGGAAAAAGUUUUACAAAAUCGAUAUUGUCCGAUAUUUCAUAUAAAAUUACAGGUCGAACCAAAAAAAAAUAUUUUUUCUUGGUAGUUGCGAUCCAUUGGACACAGAUAUAUUGCACUAAUCAAAGCUUUUAGGUGCCUCUUUUUACCACAUCAUUCAAUAACUUUGUAAUAUUAUAACUCACAAUAUUCAUAUGGGUCUUGGUAACCAGUGCCCUAAGGGCAAUGGUUAAGGAUUCCAUUAAUAGAAAUUUUGUCUUGGAAAUACAAGUCUUUACUUUUUUCUUAGCAAUAAUUACACCACUUUUCGAUACAAAUAUAUUUAUUUUAGUACUUUAACCAAUACCUCAAAUGCAAUGGUUAGAAUUCUCCUAUUCUUAUUUCACAAUCUACUAUUAUUAACCAAACAUCACAAUCCACACUCCAGCCUUUAAUUUCACCCUUUUUUAAGAUACUAUUAUAUGUUUUCUCCAUAGCCACAAUUGCCUUCAUUGUCUCCCCAUUUGGUCAAAAUAAAAUCUUCGUUGUAGAGAUAAAAACACGAUUAAGAUUGUUUUUAAUAUGUAUGGUUCAUGAUUGCUUCACAUAAGUUUGGUAUAUUUAUUACAAAAUUAAGACCAUCUAUAAUAGGGGUUCUUCCCCUUUUUAGCGUCAAGCUAACUAAACACCCCAAUUAUAACAUCAAUUAAUUGGGUGCCUAUAGAGAUGGAUGUUUUUAUAGGCACCAUCUCUCCCAUAUUACAUGUGGGUCCCACAUAUAUAAUUAAUUGUAAUUUUUUUCUCUAUUCAAUUAUUAAUUAUUUUAAUAGUAACAAAAUAAAUUAAAUAAUACUUAUAAGUCUUAUAUUUAAUCGAUUAACUUUUUGAAUUUUCAAUGAAAGACUUUUACUACAUCAAAUAAUUCAUUCAUCUUAAAGUUAAAAAAUUGAAAUCAAGCUGAUGUAAUUUAUUAUAAUUUGAUUUUUUUUCAAGUUUAAUUUUUUUGAAUUAUUAAUAAAAUUAAAAAAUUCACUUUUUUAUUGUUUAUAAUGAAAUUAAUUCAAUAUUUAAAAAUUAUAUAAUUAUGAGUGAAUAUAUAAAUUAUUGUUAAAAUUUAAUGAUAUAUAGUUAUUACUUAGACUCAUUUAAUAAUUUAUUUCGGGUGCUACGUUGGAGAGAUUAUGUGUUUAUUAUAUAUUAAUUACGAAAUGAGUGAUGUGUACAGUCGGGACCCGUUUAAGCACCCAAACGAGGUGCUGCAUUGUGGAAGGUCUUAGUUUAUUAUAAAUAUGGUUUCAUAAUAAAUGUAGAAGUUUCUUUAAGAAAAAAUAAGUACAAAAUUUUAAAUAUUGUUUCUUUUAACAAAAACAUUAAAGACUCAUAAGUGAAUGAAAACAGGAAAAUUUGGUAACACUUGUAUAUUAAUUGGUUAUCUAGACAGAUCAAUCUAUUAACUCCUCCUAUUUGAUUACUUCAUUACAUUAAUCGAUUAAUUGUCAUAAAAAAAGUUCUAAACUAUUCUAGCCAUCUCAUAUUGAUGUUCAGAUGUCUAAACAUUUAACAAUUAGAACAAUUGACCAACAAAACUAAUACAUAAAUAAUCAGAGCUUUGGGGUAUUACAUUUCUAAUUUCAAUCACUUAAAUCAAGUUUUCAUACUUUUCUAGUCAAGUAAAUUUAAUCAAUAUAAUAAUACAAUUAUAUUCAAUUGCUAAUUUGAAUGUUCUUUUUAACUUAUAAUUUUUAUGUGUCUAGAACAUCAAGACAUGAACAACAAUUUUUUUCUUCAAAAAUAUAAUUUAACGUGAUAGAAUUGAAAACUUAUUUUAUCAUAUGCAAGUAUUGGAAAAGGGAAAAAAACAUUUAUCUAACAACUAAGGCUUAAUACAUCAUCUGAUCCCCUAACUUGUUUUAUUUUUUCAGUGUGGUCCCUCAACUAUUAAGUGUGUCAAUUUGGUCUCAUAAGUCUUCCUCCAUUUACUUAGUUGGUCCAUUUUGUUAAGUUUUUUUCAAAAAACGUUAUGUUUGCACAUGUGACUCUCCACAUUGGCAUAACCCUUACAAUUCGGAGAAGAUAGAGAGAGAAUGAAGAAAACGUAUAGAGAGAAAGGAGAAGAAAACGCAGAGAUAGAAGAAGAAGAAACGAAAGGAAAAAGAAAGGAAAGCUUAGAAACGAAGACGAAUCUUCAACUCGGAUCCAAUUCUAGGUUUGUUUCCUCAUCUUCGUUGUGAAUCACAAGUAGAAAAAGUAUUUUUGUUCUGAUUAGGGUUUUGAAAACUUUCUAGGGUUUUGGAAAAUUUUAUAGGGUUUUGAAAUUUGAAUGAUUUUUUUUACCUUUUAAGGUUCUGUAUGCAUGAAUUUGGAUAUUCUAUUAUUAUUUUUCUUCUUAAAAGUUGAUUUUUGUCUGUUGUGUUGGAUUUUAUGCAUACAUUUGAUUAGGGUUUAUUCCUUUCUUUCCUUAAUGGCUCAGAAGAGAUGGACCAAAUCUUUGAGUGUGUCAUACAUCAUGUUGGGGACUUUUGUAGUUUUAUGGACUUUGAGUAUGUAGGUCCAGAAGAAGUACUAGAAUGUGACCCAAAUUAUUUCUCCUAUUUUGCAUUAUUAACAACAUUAAAAAGAUUAGGUUACCAAACUCUUCAAUCUCUGUGGUAUUAUGAUCCUGCUUUGGAAGAUGGAAUGAUUGUUUUGAAUAGUGAUAAUGGUUGUAGAAGGAUGCAGAAUAUUGCACAUCAAUUUGAUAGGGUCCAUUUGUAUGUUGUUCACCUAUGUCACAACCUGAAAUUGUAGUUCUUAACCCAUUGAUAAAAUAUCCUUGUAUGGCCCCACCUGUUAGGAAUGAGACAAAUGAAGGUCGCACUAGUUUAGGUCCCACUCGUGAGGGUUGAAAUGAUGAUGGUGGUGUAAGUGGUGUAGGUCCCACUGCUGAUGGUACAAAUGGACGUGGUUUUGCAAACUAAAAUUGUUACUAAUACCAACUCAACCCAAUCCUAAGAUUUUUAAAAUUGUUCCUAACAACUGAUAACUAACUAUAGUCGUUUUUUAAAAAAAAAAAAAAAAAAAAAAGAUAUCAUAAGAUAAACUAUCUUGAUUUUUUUGGGUUGCAUAAGAUAACAAUUAAUCAUGUACAUAAAAUAUGACACUAUGUGAUAAUUUAUUAUCAGAUGAUCAUCAAACACAUGACAUCAUACACACUUACUUUUAUAAUAUUUAUCUUGACUUAUCUCUUAUUAUAUCUAUAAUUAUCCUGAUCAUCAAAUUGACCAAAAAUAAAAUUUAAAAACCAACAAUGAAUAUAAAUUAUGUAAUUGAAUAAAAAGUAUAUGCAAAAACAUUAAUUUAUCAAAUCAGUUUAAAAAUAUAUAUAUAUUAAUCAAAUCACCAUCAAAUAUUAUUGUGACAUUUUUUUUUUGUCAAAAAUAUUAUUAUGACAUUGUUUUCUUAUUUUAAGCAUAUAUCAAUUAUCAAAACAAAUAUUCGUAAAUGUUCAAACAUCAAAUUUUUUUCUUUCUAGUUUCCAAUCUAAACCGCCCUCUUUUAUCACAUCCCAUUUACUACAUCAAUGCUUUAAUUAAUUUUAUUUCUUCAUUAAAUAUUCAAUCUACGUCCUCGUAAGCAUACCUCAAUUGGUAGAGACAUGCAUUGUUAUAUGCAGGCGCUGCGGUUCGAACCCCAAACACCACACUUAUUCACUUUAAAAAAAGUGAAUUAUAACCAAUAAACUACCUGACAAAAAAAGAAUAUAUUCCAUCUACACAAAAUAAAAACAAAAUCUUUUCCUUUAGUCUCAAAAAGUACGUUAGAGUUUAUAGUAGGGUAGGGUCCACUCUCAAAACGGCGUCGCCUAUACGCUGCACCCUCACACACUGGACCACACUCUAUAAUAAGCCGUUAAACUGAAACAAAAAUAACAUGAGGAAAGGAACAUGGUUAUUAAACAGUUCCAUCAAAACACAUAAGUAACGUGCAUGGUUUUUGUACACGUGGACCAAUCACAACAAAGCUCAGAAUCCUUAUUAUUAUGUUAUGUUGAAGUGAUCAAACUUCAACACUCUCAUAAAACAGAACUGAACUGAAACAAAACACAGAAAGAGAGAGAAACAGAAAAAUAAUCUAAGUUUUUUUUCGAUGGAUUAACGUUGUGGUUUUUGUCGUUUCCUUUGAUUCUGUGUUUUUUUCAUUGUUUUCUUGAAAAAGGGUACGUAUGAAUCACAGUUUCUUCUGCAUUGAUAAGUUUUUUCUUUCUUUCUGAAUUUUCUUACAUCAAUCAUCAAUGGAGGUUGAUGGUGAUAAGAGUGAUAAUGGAAAUCGAAAAAGGAAAAGAAGAUUUUUGAAGAGAAAGCUUCUUGUCAAUGAAAAAGUUGAGGUAAUGUAAUAUGAUUUGUGAUUUCGGUUUUUUCUUCUUCAUUUUUGAUAAAGAUUUUAUUUUUAUUUGGUUAUGAAUUUCUGGGUUGUUGAUUUUGUUUUUGGUUUUGUGAUUUGAUGUUCUUAGGGUUUCUUUGAGGUUUUUUUUUACACAAUUGUUAUGAUUCUUUUGUAUCAAGAAUUUUCUUUGUUUCUCUGUUUAUGAUCCUUUGAUUUUCUUGUAAUUCUGUUGUUGAUUUAUGGUUUCGGUGGAUUUUGAUGUUACUCAUCUAUGAUUUUUGUUUUCAUAAUUCUCAUUUUCUUAAAUUGUUUUGAUUUUUCUUGUUUUACGCUGUUUUAGAUUUCAUGCAAGUGAUGAAUUGGGAAUAGGAUAAAUGCUGUUUAUGGUAAUGUGGACUAAAUGUUAUUUCCUUUAUCAACACUUUUGCAUUUUUUUAACAAUUGUUUUUUGAUUUGAGAUACAUGCAUGUUGUGUGAAUGGUGAUUUCCUUCAUCUGAAAUUUCCACUUGAAAGAAUUUUUUAUGAAAAGUUUAUUUUUUUUAAUUUUUCAGUUGAGAAGUUUGGAAGAUGGUUUUCUGGGAUCGUGGCAUCCGGGGAAAAUUCUCCGCUGCGGGAGGAAGACGCGUUAUGUCAAAUACGACAAUAUUCUUGAUGAUGAAGAAUCGGAUUAUCUUAUUGAAGUGGUGGAUGUUUCUAGUGUUUUGGAUGGUGUUAAUUCUUCAUCUGCUUUAGAUUGUAGCUAUCAGCGAGGCCUGAUUAGACCAUUACCGCCUCCAAUUGAGUUACUGAUAAAGGAUCUUCCAUUCGGACAAUGUGUUGAUGUGAAAUAUCAGGAUGCUUGGUGGGAAGGUGUGAUAUUCGAUCGCUGCAAUGGAAUGAAGGAUAGGAGCAUAUUCUUCCCAGAUUUAGGUGAUGAAAUGAAGGUUGGAGUUAAACAAUUGAGGAUCACUCAGGAUUGGGAUGAGUCAACUGAGAAUUGGUUACCGAGAGGGAAAUGGGUGUUUCUCGAGUUGUUUGAGGAGUGUGAGAGGGUAUCCUAUGUUGCAGUCUCAGUGAAACAGAUUUGGUAUGAUAUUAGGAUGAGAAAGGAUUUUGCUGAAACCAUUAGAGAAUGGACUUGUAAUGUGAAGGAGUUGUGGAGAGACCUUGUUGUUGAGGUAAUUGGUGAUUACUAUACCCUCACAUUAAGCGAAGUUCGCCCUGCCUUAAACAUUCCAAACAAUUUACUCGAAGGAGAGUCAUUUGAACCAACUGAUAAUGUUCAGUGUGAGGCUACUAAUCAAGGUAAUGCAUUUGGUUCUGACAUUGGAAUAUCUGAUAAGCCUGAGGAAAACGCUGACUCCUUAAACUUGUUGGUUACUGAUCAAAACUGUGGCAGCACAAGCAUCAUUCCUUUGGUGGAUGAGGAAUUUGAGAAGGAAAAUCUUUUACAUGAAGAGCUUGAAUCAGAUAAAAGUCAAAUGGUGGAUGUGGAGUUUGAGAAGGAAAUUCUUUUACAUGAAGAGCUUGAAUCAGAUAAAAAUCAAAUGGUGGAUGUGGAAUUUGAGAAGGACAUUCUUUUACAUGAAGAGCUUGAAUCAGAUAAAAAUCGAAAACGGAGACGUUCUAAGUCCAUAAUUUGGAAGCCAUUGGAACUGUCUGAAGUUGAAUUCUGUCCUGAAGUUAUUGAUGAGUAUGCACUUGGAUGUAGGAGCAAGACGGUUCGGGAGCUUUUGAAGACGAAAGUAAGAAAACAUCUUGUUUAUCUUGGAUGGACAAUUGAAUGGACCGAAAACAAUACUCCUCCACAUAGACGAUACCGGUACAAGUCUCCGGAUAAACUUAAUCCAAAGUUUUACACUUCCAUUUUUCAAGUUACUAAAAUUUUGCAAGAGGAUCCUAACAUGAACUCUGGGCCACCUCAAAUUGACAGCAAUCUUUCACAUCUGCUCUCUGAUCCACCCCAAAUGAGUCAAGGUUUCAACGUUUGUCCUCCAACCAAUGAACCUUCUCCAGUUAAAUUUCAAGUUGAACCAGAAUUUUGUCCUCUAGCCAUCGUGAAAUACUACUGUCACUCAUUAGAGAGAAACUCGUCUGAUAAGAGAAAGUGGAAAUUGAAGGCGAAAAAACAUCUGUUAUCAGAAGGAUGGAUGUUUGACUACCCAACUGAAAGAAGGAAGACUACUUUGUACAAGUCUCCACAAGAUCAGUGUUUAGGCACACUUCAAGGUGCAUGCAGACUAUACCUUAAAGAAAAGAUUCCCGAAUGGACUAAUUCUGAUCAUGGUGAUGAUGAUGAUCUACUUUCGAGUGUGUCCCAAUUGCUUCAAAAAGAGCCUGAAUUACGUACUAUAGAUGGUUCACCACCAACUGCAAAGAGAAACCAUAAACGCGCAAGGACUUCAAAGGCUAGCACACAAAAGGACUUAGAGAGUGAAGUACUUACCCGGGUGCUAAGAUCAAGCAAAAGGGUGCAGAAGGUUUUGGGUUCGUCAUAUCAAAAGCCUCAAAAUAUUCUGUCUUGGUUAAUAGAUUGCAACAUUGUGUUGCCAAAGUACAAGGUCUUUUACUGGGAAACCGAAGGAGGAAACUCUCCUAUGUUUGAAGGGAGGAUAACUCGCGAAGGAAUUAGGUGCACCUGUUGUCAGAAUCUAUAUGGACUCAGUGGCUUUGCAAACCAUGCUGGUGGAAGCAGUAACUGCAGGCCUUCGGCUUGUAUAUUUUUGAAGGAUGGUAGGUCACUGUUAGAUUGCAUGAUGGAAGUAAUGCAAGAUCACAGGACAAGAGAAAUUACGGAGAAACCGCACAAUGAUCUGUUUGAAGGUGAAAAUGACAACAUUUGUUCUGUUUGUAACUACGGUGGUGAACUCAUUUUAUGCGACCAAUGCCCCUCGGCGUAUCAUAAGAAUUGUCUUAAUUUGGAGGUAGAUUAUUAACAAGUUUCCUUUUCAAUCAAACAUAUUAAGUUCUAUCUUGUCGCUAUAUUUCCUUUCCUUUUUGUUUCCAUGUAACUCCUUCAAUUCAGUACUUCAUGCCAUAUUAAGUUUCAUUCUGCAUGUGAAGGGCAUCCCUGAUGGUGAUUGGUUUUGUCCAUCAUGCCGUUGCGGGAUUUGCGGCCAAAAUAAAAUUGAAGAGACUGAGGAUGGACACUUUCUUACUUGCAUUCAGUGUGAACAUAAAUGUGAGCUGAUAUAUAGAUUUUAUCCAAUAUUCCAUCCAUUCCUUUGUGAUGUGUUUUAGUUUGUGUGAAUAACUACAUAUUUUGACCAAUGAAAAAUUUGACCAAUGAAAAAUGUCUUCAACUCUGUAGAUCAUGUUGAGUGCCUCAGAAAUGGAGAAAAAGAUGAUUCAAGACGAUGUAUGAAAAAUUGGUUCUGUGGAGAAGAGUGUGAACGGGUAAGUUAAUUCCACCUCCCUUUUUUCUUCUAGUUUAGAAAUAUUUUCAUCUCAUUUUGCAUGAAGAAUUGGUUUCUGCUUCUAUUUAUUCUGAUUUGACAUUUGUUGGAAGCAUUACUUAACCAUUCUUUUUUUCUUUAUCAAAACUAACUACUCCACAUCCAAUUCAAACACUUAGCACUUUCUAGUCCAACAAUGAGCUCUUUAUUCAGAUCAUGGUUGCAUCUAUUAAUGGCUGUCAUUUAAUAGCUAAGUAGCAAGUCGACAAUGCAUGAUUUUUGGUGAUUGGUAAGUGUUAAGACAUCAAAAGCAAAACAGAUUUAAGUUUGAUGCUAGUGAAACAUUUAAGGCCUUGUAACUUAAAUAUACACUGCUAGAAUUAUGUUUUAUGACAAUGGUUUUACUCUACAUUUACGCGUAUGCACUUUUCGCAGGUCUAUACUGGGCUCCAGAAUCUAUUAGGAAAGCCAGUUUUAGUGGGGGCAGACAAUCUAACUUGGACAUUGGUGAAGUAUGUCAACUCUGAGACUUGCGGUGUUGGCGGUGCUGAAAGUGACUUAGUGGUGGAGAAUUACAGCAAACUGAGUGUUGCACUCUCGGUGAUGCAUGAAUGUUUUGAGCCCCUGCAUAACCCUUUCUCUAGCAGAGAUAUCGUGGAAGAUGUUAUAUUCAACCAAAGGUUAGACAUUCUUAUCCUUCAAUUUAUGUUUAUCAUUUUUUUUUAUGAUUGUUUGCAAACUUUGUUUGUCGCAUACUCACAAUUCAUGCAUAUAACAUCAUGAGUUGAACCUGCUGAAAUAGCUUUGCUUACCUUCAAUUUUGAGCCUUUUCCAUUACACCAUGGUGGUAAUAUUCAGGUAACAACUGAAAGUAAUCAAUUCUCUGAUCUACCAACUUUAUCAUCAAUAAAAAAUAAAAAUAAACAAACUCUACUAUUUUUAUACAAUACAUAGAUAUGUUAGAAUUUAGGAUUUCUUUUGUUGCAUAUAUAGUGUUAGGGCAAAGUUUGCGGCUUUACGUUUAUCAUGCAGGAUGGAAUUUCUUGGACCGUAACAUAUUUAUUUGAAGAUACUAAUAAAAACGUUUCCUUAUUUUAUGUACACAUUUCUUGUCGUCCAACUUAUCCUGCAAAAUCUAUGCCUAUAUAGAUGGCAUCAUGAUUAGUGUUUGAGGAGUAAACAAAGUAUUUCGGCUCAUGUUGAGUAUUUAUUGCGAUUUUGGUUAUUUGAUUCAAAUAUGAUUCUAAUGGAUAUAUCAUAUAGCUUUUAACUCCUUCUGUGCUUAGAUUUCUUUUUUUCGAUCAAACAAGAUGGCAUGCAAAAGUAUCACUAUAGGUUUUAAAUUCCAUCCAUGUUUGCACCUCGAAACCUUAGUUUUGAUUGUAUGUACAUCUUUGAGUCCAUUCACUGAUGGAUUUGUUACCAGGUUUACAUUGUUUGUAAUCAUGGUAUUUUACCUCUAACUUGACCGGCAUUAUUAUUACAUUCACUUUGCGCCAAUGCCUGAUGUAUGUACUUCGGAACCUCGUAGGUCUGAGCUCAAUCGACUAAACUUCCAGGGUUUCUAUACUGUACUUCUAGAGAGAAAUGAAGAAUUGAUUAGUGUGGCGACUGUGAGGUGAGUAUAGGAUCUGCUACUACUAAGAAUAAAUACAAUAACAGAUUAUGCAUGAUUCAGUGAUUGCAUUUCAAGUUUCCGUAACUUGGCAUUUCAUGUUUUAGGAUAUUUGGAGAGAAGAUAGCAGAAGUGCCCCUCGUAGGUACCAGAUUUCAGUACAGACGACUUGGAAUGUGCCGCGUUUUAAUGGAUGAGCUCGAAAAGGUGACAUAAAAAUCAUAAAGUUUGUCAUUUUAUCUGGUUGUUUUUGUGAACUAUAUUAAAUCAUCUUGAUAUGGCCUGUGACAUUUGAAUUGUAAUUCAUUUCUAUUGUGUAAGUUAUUCCAAGUUUAUUAUCAAAUUUCUCACUUUAAUUUUUUUCUUUCAUCAGAAGCUAAAGCAACUUGGAGUGGAAAGACUAGUCUUGCCUGCUGUUCCCGGUGUGCUAGACACAUGGACGAAUUCUUUUGGUUUUGAGCAGAUGACGAAUUUUGAAAGGUCACAAUUUCUGGACUAUUCUUUCCUAGACUUUCAAGGAACUGUCAUGUGUCAGAAACUUUUGACAAGAUUUCCAUCUCCGGAAUCGGUUGUAACAAGAGGUUCGUAGCUUCUUAUGAUUCCUGUAUUAGCCGUUAGUUUGGCAUAAUCACAAUGCGGUAAAGUUAUUGUCGCAAUAACUACACUUUAGAGCUUUAACAAAUUUAGUGUCAUUGUGAUAUUGCGAAACUCACCGACAAUCUAAAUAUGCACAUAAUUAAACAGUUUCCUCGCUGAUUGGAUUAUAACCGUAUUUUUUCAUAUUGCAGACGCGACUCCAAAACAAAAAGAUGGUAGCUUCUCUGUUAAAUGUAAAAUUAAUUUUGAAAAGGCUAGUCCAGUAUCUGAAGUGGAUCAAGCAGAAGGGAUUGGCAAAAGAGGAAUGAUGGAUCUACAAGUUUGGAGAUCUUCCUAAUCAAACAAGAAAAUAAAUUUGAUUUUUGUGAAAGAGACAGAAAGACAAACAUGGAGUAUUGGAGGGGGAAAGAAAAGGAGAAUAAGAAAAAUUGUACAAGAAAAUUGCAUUUGAACAAUUAUAUUAAAUGUAAAGUAGGAAUUUUAGUCUUUAGGCUAAGUUUAUCUUCAUGAUUGAAAAAUAAUGUUGGUCUUUAUUUAAAUGAUUAACUAAUGUACUGUUUAUAUAAUGUCUUUGUUAUGGGAUUUUUCCUAAUGAACAAGAAUCUUUAAAGUGAACAUAUACUUGUUUAAAGUGUAUUAUAAUCACUAUAGAGUUUUGACAUUAUCGAACAUUAAAUGUGAGUAUAUUUCUCAGCCAAAAUUCAAAUCUUAAUUUAUCAUAUUAUCAUAGACUAGACUAGUCUCUUCUGUUGAACCUAACCCCACAAGUAGGUACUAUAUGUCCUUUAAUUUCGCCAUAUAUGCAUGGCUUUAUUGGGGAGCAUGGCUUUAUGCAAAAAAAAAAUCAAUUAAUGAGUUCAUUUGAUUAAAAGAGAGUGUGAAUUAAGACUGGGAAAUUUCGGAAUAAAAACAAGAUGUCCCGUUUCUAUUAUGUAAUCAACUCAAUAUGUAAAUCAGAUUUGGUUUUAUCCUCUCUUUUUCAUGAGAAGAAGAUUUUAUUAUAUAUUUUUUUACAAAAUCAUAACAAGAAGAUUUGUUUUCAUCUUUACUAUAGAUAUGCCUUAAAGAUUAUAUAUUAUCUUCAAAAUAAUUACAAAAAAUAUGUCUACAAGAAAUUUAUGAAAAAUAAAUAAAAGAUAUGCCUACAUGAUUAUCUAAAAAAUAAUUACAAAUUCAAAUAAUUCCAUAAUUAAGUAAAUCUGUGUAAAGUUACUCUACUUAAUAACUCAUUAAAUCAAUAGACUCACUAACUUAACUCAACCGUUGAAUUUAAUUAAGAGUGAGCAAGGGAAGAGUUUGAGAUGGAUUAUUGUAAUCAAUCAUAUUCAUUUUAGAAAGGGUCUUGUUAACAUCCUCCUUUUAAAAAAUCAUAAGCAGUCUCUUAAACCCUACCUACUAUAGUUUAGACAUAAUUUUUUUUGUUAAUAAAAUAAUAAAUUUCAAAUUUAUUUAAGAUGAAAUCGGGUCAGCUUAAAAUAUAUCUAAAAUAUUUUUAGUAACUUUUUUACUACUAAAAAACAUGUUUUUUGCUAGAGAGAGGGGUGUUUGUUUUAAGUUUCACAUCUCAACUCUUAACCAAUUCUUUCUAAAAAAAACUCUUAACCAUCUUUUCUCCUAGUUAAAAUAAAAAAUCAAUACUAUCAUUCUAUCAAUACUAUCCCCUUUUUAUAUUUCAAUAGUUUAGAUCAUUCACAUGCUCAUAUUUGUUUUCAUAUAUUAUAGGAUCUUGAUUCAUUCUCAUGAAAAUAAAAGUUAAAAUCAAUGGGGUGUUUAUUUUAAGUUUAUUACAUUUAUUCCUAGGAAUGUAAGGAUAAAAUUGUAUUGCUAUAUAUUUUAAAAGAAAGAUGUUUGAUUAAUAUUAUAAUAUUUUUGAAAGCUUUUAUAAUAGGUAAGUUUUUUUUUUUUGAAGGAUUUUAUAAUAGGUAAGUUAAUAGAUAUUUAUACAUGACUUUAUUCUCAUUUUUAAGACAACUUUAUUCACACUCUUUUUUUGGGAAUUUUUGUCUAUUCCCAUAAACAGUUUUAUAUUUAGAAAUACUUUUUAAAUUUGUAAUGAACAUGUAAAUGCAUAUAUCUAUCAUAUUAUUAAAAAAAAAAAGUGUCUAAGUUCUUUUGGAACCCCUUGGAUUUCUUCUUGUUGUUUCCCAUUCAUGAACCAUACCAUGAUUUCUACUACCUAUUGGACAUCCAUGUCCAAUAGGUAAGCAGGAGAAAACAAUUUCUAGUUAGAAAUUCGAAUAAAUUAAAACCUAGUUUUUUUUUUUUUUGAGAGAGAAAUUAAAACCUAGUUUUGUAUAUGGAGCCUUGGCUCUAGAUUUGGGGUCAAGAUCCUAUCACUAGAUUUGCUCAUUGUAAGAACUAUUGAGCUAGUCUCUAUUAAUUUCCAUCACUAAUUUUGAAUAUGUCAAUAAAGAGCCAAAAAAAAAAUAAUGGUUACUUUUUUGGGAUCUAAAAUCGGUGGUUUGCCUCUUGAAUGGGGACAAUUGGAUUGGAUAAGCUGCAACAUUUUUUUCAAUAUUUUGGGAUCUAAUAUCGGUGGUUUCUCUCCUUUUUUUUUACAUUAAAAUUUUUUCCAUCCUUUUAUUUUGAAUGGCUACUUACCAUUGCACAAGAUCAUGAUUUUAUAUAUACUCUCUUUUGUCAGAAAUCAUAAUUCUAUAUAAAGAAAUGUUGGAACAAUAGAAAUUAUGGCUGGGGAUGUCGGGAUAACCUAACAUGUAAGGAUAUGAUAAGCAGCUAGUUUCCCACAAACAGCAUGCAUAUAGUGACAAGUACUCUAUAGUAUAUUAUAAUUUAUAUCCAAACACUAUCUAUUGUUAUUACUAUUUUUUGAUAGGAAAAAUAAAUUAAAAGACAUGAUAUUUGUUUUGACCAAACCUAUAUUUAAGAAUGAUAUAUACUUCAUCCAUCUCUGUAUAUAAGCAUCAUUUGCCUCUAAUAAAAGAGUGCUUAGAUAUAGGGACGGAGGGAGUAAUUAUGUUUUUUCCGUGUAGUUUUCUUUCUUUGUAAAACGAUAUGAAUGUUAAAGAAUCCCACAUGGGAUAUGAGAUCAUCUAACAAUGUUAUGUUUAUAAGUGGUGACAAUUUUUACCGUAUCAGAGUCUCCUCCAAGAUUUGUUGGAUCACCUGCUAUCAGAUUUUUAUUAUUGGACUAUCCACUAUUUAUAUCCACACUCCAGAUGUUCAAUCUUCAUUGUGAGAGGAUGUGUUAAAUGUGUCUAUAAAUUGAAGCAAUAAUCACCUCACAAACCGAUUUUGCGGAGCUAUGUUAUGUACAACCAUAAUUUCUAAGAUGCAGAAGAAACAAUUGAAAACAAUCCAGGAGUGUAAUAAGUUGGUUUGUUUCAAUCUUUGAGAAGAAAAAAAUGAAACCAAUAAAAUAAUCAAUCUAGUUUUAUAAUAUUUUCUCGCAAAAUCUGAAUUAAAUCUUCGAAGAAUGGGUCGAUACAUACGAUUCAGUUCAGUUGGGUUGAUAUUGAAAAAUUUUAAAUAAAUGAUUUUAAAAUAUAAUGAUACAUGAAGAUAUCAUAUUUUUUACCUCUACAAAUACAUAUUUUUAAAAUAACACUAUGUAACAUAUUGUAUGAAAUAACAACCUCCAACUCUUUAAUUCUUAACCAGUUAUGUUCAAAACUGAACCAACCCAUUAAAAAAACUGUAAACCAAACCAAUUUAAAUCGAAAUCGUAAAAAAUCGCACUUGAUUCGGAUGAAUUCAGAUGACUUUUGCACUAAACCGUACGGUUCGGUUUGCGGUUUGCAUCUCAGCAACCGAACCAAAUCAAACCAAAUCGCAAGAAUAAUGAAUAUUACUUAAUCAUGUGCUAGCCCAAUUACAUAGCUCAAAAAUAACGCUUUCAAUUCGAUUUUUCCAUUGUUGCACCAUCAAGUUCGAUUCUAAUUAUUUUCCAUCUCUUUCAAUUCAUUUCCAGUGAUGAAUUUGUUUCCUUUACUUCCCAAUAAUUUGUUUCAUGCUCUUAUGUUUCUUCUUAAUUUUACCUAUUUUGAUAUAAGUUUUACCUAAUAUUUUAUCAUAUAAACAGCAAAAUAAAAUGUCCUAUGUUUAUUUUGUAAUAAGUUGGCAAUAUUAGAGUUAAUGUAAUUUUUUUUUUUAUCUCGCGAUGAACCGCACAAACCGAACUAAUUCAAGCCGCAUUGGUUUGGUUUUGAUGACUUUUUAAAAAUCAACCGAACCAAACCAAACUGCAUGUUUUUUUAUCUUGCGGUUUAGAUGAUUUUUAUGCUCAAAACCAAACCAAACCGCACCGCGAACACCCCUGUAAUCUUAACUCAAACUAGAUUGGGUUUAGCGAUAAGAAUUGUUUAUCCGGAUCAUCUUUUGAAACGGUUAAACUAUAUAUUAGUAUGGUCACAAAUUAAGUUAAACGUUAAAAAAAAUUCAACCUCUAACAUGUUUCCUUUCAUCUAGUUGAUUAUUGUUUUCUUUUGGUUUGGUGACUUUGCUUUGUUGCCUCUUUUGUAAUCUUUACUAUUGUAUUUUCAAUAUUAACACUUCUUGUGUUAUGACUAUGCCAUUUUAAUACAUUCUUUCUUGACCUUUUCAAAAAUAAAAUUUCUCUUUCCUUAAAAAAAAAAACAUUGAGCUACACAACAUCCAUAAAACACGACGAUAAAAUCGAUAUCCAAAUCAAAAUAUAAUGGUAUGGCGUAGAAUACGUUAACAAAAUCGAACCUAUUUAAUUGGUUUGGAUGGGAUCUUGUUCUUCUACCCUUAAUCAUAUCACUCACACCGGAUUUUUGGAUUUGAAAAACAAAAUCUUUUUUCCUACCAUAUAUCACCACCAUUGUUCAAAUUUUACUAAACCGCGUGAAAAAGUUGCAUGGUGAGUGAGUGACCACGUUCACGUUCAUCCACCUUCACAUGCACACAGUUUCUAUACCUUUUCUCUCAAAACAGUUACCUCUUUUUUGUAUUAAUAAUACAUUUUCAUUUUCCCUCUCUUCUAUUCUCUCUCAAUGUCUCUUUCUUUUUCUGUUUUUGCUUCAUUCUUCUCUCUUCUUUUUCUUCUUUCUCUUCAUUGCCAAAUAGUUUCUUCUUUUCAUUAUCAUCAUCAUCAUCAUCAUCAUCAUCAUGAACAAGUUUAUCAUCAAAAACCCAGUUUGAAAGCAAACAAUAAUCAAAGUAGUUGUGCAUUGUUUGUAGGAAGUUGGGUUUUUGAUGAAAGUUACCCUUUUUAUCAAUCUUCUAGCUGUGAAAUUAUAGACCCAGAAUUUAAUUGUCAAAUGAAUGGUCGUCCUGAUUCUGAUUACCUUAAAUACCGUUGGAAACCACUCAAUUGUGAGCUCCCAAGGUAUAAAAAAUAAUAAAAGCAUAUGUAGCAUUAACACGUCUGAUCAAAGAUGUGUCUGGUGUCUGACACGUGAUUAUGUUCAAUAAUUCAUUUUCUCAAGUGUCAAUGUCGUGUCUGGUGUUCGUGUUUGGGUUUGUGCUUCAUAGCAAAAUAUAGUGUUUUUAAGAUAUAGUGUGUGGUUGCUUAGUAUAAUUUGAAUGAUGGUGUUUUUGUGGUGUUUUGUAAUGGCAGGUUCAAUGGAGUUGAGUUUUUGUUGAAGAUGAAAGGAAAAAGUGUGAUGUUUGUUGGUGAUUCGUUAGGAAGGAACCAAUGGCAGUCUUUGAUUUGUAUGAUAUCUGCUGCAGCACCUAAUGUGGAGACACAAUUGGUUAGGGGAGAUCCUCUCUCCACUUUCACAUUCUUGGUGAGUCUAGAAAAAAUUUCUGAGCUUUAAGUUGAUUGCUAACAAAAAGUUUUAAAUUGUGGCUGUGAUCAUUGAUAUAUUCGGAAGAAUUGCGGUCAAAUGUAUCGAUCUGAUGCAGCCUUAAUUGCAGUUGCUUGUCUGACCAGUGCUAGUCUCUCACACUAACACUUGUGAUUACAUUUAAUUAUAUUAUUUUCUCAAAUUAUUACUGGUAUCAUGUAUCAGUGUCGUGUUUGUGUGAUCGUGUUUACGUAGGUGCUUCAUAGGUAUACCAAAUACCAAUACCCAAUUUGGCAUUUCACACUGUUUCUACUGCUAGUAAGAUUUAAACCAUAAUGACACUGCCCAAGUUUUGUUUGGUAAGAUUUAGAUUUUGGUUCAAAAGGAAGAGGUAGAUAAGAGCUAAUAGCUAUGCUAAUUUCCAGCAAUAAAAUAGUUGUUCCCCUCUUUGUAAAGUUUCAUUCAUGAUAUCACAAAGAGGUAGGGUCGUAUUUGUUUGGUAUAAGACAAAGAAGCUGUUGAAAAAAGUGUUUGUAAAACAGUGUCAAUUGAAUCAUUAGAUAGAUAUGAGGGGCCUCAAAAUAUUUUCAAGAAUUUUGAUUAUUUAUCCUGUAGAAUAUUGACUAUGCAAACAAGAGAAACAUUUUAGAGAUGUUAAAAUUGAAUAUGAUUUGGUAUAUGCAGGACUAUGAUGUGAACAUUUCAUUUCAUAGAGUUCCUUAUUUAGUAGAUAUUGAUGUGGUCCAAGGGAAAAGAAUUUUAAGGCUUGAUGAGGCAGAUAAGAAUGGUGACACAUGGAAGAAUGUUGAUGUGUUGGUGUUCAACACAGGACAUUGGUGGAGUCAUCAAGGAUCACUUCAAGGGUAGGCAAGAAUAGUAUCUUCUCUUUUUUAAGCUUAUUCAAGAAAAUACUAUAGGAAAAUUGAUUUUUUUUUUUGGGCUGUUUUUGUUGAUUAAUUGAGUGCAGGUGGGAUUAUGUAGAAUUAGGAGGGAAUUUUUACCCUGAUAUGGAUCGAUUGGUAGCUUUGGAAAGGGGUAUGAAAACAUGGGCUAAUUGGGUGGAUGCUAAUAUUGACAGAAGUAGAACCCAUGUGUUAUUUCAGGCAAUUUCUCCCACACAUUAUGAGUAAGGACUCUUCUAUGUCUCUAUUUUGGACCAAUUAUUAAUAAUUGAUUUUUUUUUUUUUUACUAAGCUAUAAUUGAUUAUCAAUGACUUGAAAAUAGGGCAGUCAAUAUUAAUUUAGUGAUUUAAAAAUGGUUAAAUUUAACAAGUUACAUAAUUAAUCAGACUCUUGAAGCAAGAUGCCAAAUUAACUUUUUCCCUGAAGUCAAACUAAAUUUUCAUUUUUUUUUUUUUCAUUUGCAUUCAUCUGAUGAGCUGCUUCUAGAUCUGGAAGUAGGACCUUGCUUUUGACUAUCCUUGAUUAUUCUAUUUCUAUCCUGAGGCUGAAAUUUUUUGGCUUGUUUAUUGGUGCCAUCUUGUCACAGAAUUAUGAAUCCGCACUUCAAUGUGCUGAGCUUAGAAGAAAAUAUGUCAGCCUAGUUAUAAGGGAUCCAAUGAAAACACAUAAAAUAGAUAAAGAAUUAGGAAGAAAAAAUGGUUGUGAUAAGAAAUCUUUAAAUCAUGUAAGAUCACAUGAAUCAGAUGGUUCUAAACUCUUUCAAGAGAGUUCUUGGUUCAAAUUCAGACCGGAGAAUGCAAUAAUGUUAAACCUGUUAGAGAAAGCUUUACUAUCUAAUUUGGACCUACCUGACUUAAGAGAUUAGUCUUUGUAAUUGCACGCAAAUAUACACAUCUUUUUUAAUAGAUAGAUAAAAUGACAAAGUCAUUAUAAACUCACACACAAGUGGAAGUGUUGGGGUUCGAACCCUGGUCAUGAUGUCUGACCUAACAAUUUCGGCAUUUUCGCUAGUUGAGCUACAAUACGUGGAUAGAUAUACUUGUUUUAUAUUGAGGGAAAUAUUUUUUGAUGAUUUUUUAGUAUAAACAAGUAUAAUAAAUAAAUUGGUUAGAAAAUAAAGUAUGCUGAAUAAAUUUCUAGGUAAUUAAGAUACAUCUUUUUACUAGCAUUACCAAAAGAAUAUAUAAUUAUGAAAACUAUGUCUUAAUCUGAUGAGCCAAGGUAGCAACAUCACACAUGAAGAUGUUAAGUUAUGUAACACUGAAUGAAAGAAUCAGCCCAAUUGAGUAUGAAGAAAAGAAUUGCUUCUUUACUUGUGGCAUUAACUCACUGAGGCACUGACCUUAGCUAAAAAUAGCUUUUUUAGAAAUCAAGCAUUGAUAUGUAAUAAGGGCGUUUGGAUUCAUUUAUUUACUGCGAUAAACACUCGUGAGAAUAUUGGGAGAGCUUAUUAAAACAACUUAUAACAUGCCCAUAAGUUGUUUUUAGCUUAUUUGCAUGAGCUUUUCAGGUUAGCUUAUGACUGAAAAAGUUUAUAGUUUAUAUGUAAACAGUUUGCUUUGUUUUGUAUUUUACUAUAUAAAUAAUUUAUAUGAUAAGUGCUUAUGCUAUAAGUUCAUAAUUAAAUUGUGUAUUCAAACAGGGCCUAAUAAUUAAAACAGGAAUUAGUGCUUUUCAAAUUUGACAGUAAAAAUGUAACAUGGCUUUAUUACAUUAAUAUUUGGUUAAGCUAGUAUGUAUGUUUUUCAAACAAAUUUAUGCUAAGAUUUGGUUGCACUGAACACUGAUAUUUAUAUGUAGCGAAAAUGAAUGGAAUUCAGCUGUUGGUAGAGCAACAAGUGUAACGACGACAAAGAAUUGCUAUGGUGAAACAGCACCAAUCAGUGGCACAACAACAGACUUUGGAGGAGGAGAAACAUACACUGAUCAACAAAUGAGAGUAGUUAACAUGGUGAUUCGAGAAAUGCGCGAUCCUGCAUAUCUUCUUGACAUCACAAUGUUAUCAGAAAUGAGGAAAGAUGGACACCCUUCAAUUUACAGUGGUGAAUUGAGUUCCCAGCAGAAAACUGACCCUGAUCACUCAGCUGAUUGUAGCCAUUGGUGUCUUCCUGGUUUGCCUGAUACUUGGAAUCAACUGCUCUAUGUUGCUUUAUUCUAUUAAGUUCAUUAGUACUUAAUUAGGUAUUUUACAAGGCUUUAAUUAACACUGUAUGAUUACUCUUAAUAGCUGUGAAGUUAUAUAUAUACAUUUUAUAGAACCAUUUUGAUCAAGAGAGAAAAUAGAGAGGUACAACUCAGGGAGUUGAGAUUUUCCUUUCAUAGAAAGUCUUUUACAAACUGUUGCUGCAUUCAGCUUGAUCAUAGUGAUGGGAUCGACCUCAGUGAGGAUAAAGGAGACAGUUGCUCCGAACCUCGGUAAUCUUUGUGUUUUCAAGAUUUUACUUUCUGCAAUCUUUCUUUCAUAAUCACGUUUAGAUUUGCUUGACCGGUUUCGACUUCAACUUGUUUCGCUAAAGAAUUCUGUCUUGUUCAAAACUCGUCUUUUGUUUCAUAACAUUAUCUCAGUCAAGUGUUAUCAACCAUCGUCUGGAAACUCAACAAGCCACAAUUAAGUCAAUGUCACACAAACACAAACCGUUGAACAAGUAGCAUGAGACGUGAUUAAUCCUCAUGAGUUUAUCUGUGUGGUGCGCAGAUCAUCUAGGAUAUAACAUGCUCACGCCGGCCAAGGUAAAGGUAUCAGAUAAAUUAAAUUAUAACUUUUAUGUGAAUAUCAACAGCUUUAAGCCAGCUUAAUGUGACAGUAAGAGUCGAAACUGUUCCAAUAAGUAAAACUUGAUGCAAUUUGUAUAUAGGCAACACAUUGCUUUGAAACCAAAUAGAUUAAGAUAACAGUUCAAAUUACAGAAUUCCAAAUGAUACAAGAUGCAAUACUUAUUUAAAGCCUUAUAAUUAUAUUAUAUAGCAUCAUUUCAUUGCCCCAGAUAAAUAAUACAGCAGGCGAAUUCUUCAUUCAUGUUAAUUAUUAUCUUCAUUCUAGCACAGUCGCUUCGUGCCACAGCUCAAACUAGCUCUGAAUGGCAACCUCAACUGGAGAAGCUUCCAAUGGUAUAAUCUUCUCAAAUUCUACAGGUUUGUUGACCAAGGUUUUCUGGUUUUCGUAAGCUGAAUCAUGAACUCCAAGUGCUGCUCUACCAGAAGGAUCAAGGUUCUUGGACCAAGAAGCAUCCCACUCAACAGCCUUAGCUGUGCUACAUGCAACAGUUGGUCCUCCAGGAACAGUUAGCCUUGCUGAGUUCUGCAAAACAAUUAAAAAAAUCAUCAAUAUUUUAAUCAACCCUUGUUAAAUUAUGUUGUCUUAUGGUCUACGAAGCACUGACACAGACACAAACACCAAAUACGACCUGAUACUGACACGUAAACACCAGUAAUGAUUUAAGAAUAUAGAAGUGAUUGAAUGUAAUCAUAUAUGUCAGCGGCCAACACCAUCACGUGUCAAACACCAUAUACACCUUUAAUCUGAAGUAGCAGUGCUACAAAGCUUAUAUCGUUACAACCGAUUAAAAAGAGUUGAUUGAAUAACUUGCCUGGGGGAAGAACCUCUCAAAGAUCAUUCUGUAGUAGUAUGCUUCCUUGGUGUUUGGGGUGUUGUGGGGGUAGAUAUUGCCAGCAUUAAGCAUCAUCCUAUCAGUCACCUAAUGGAAAAUGUGAAGAACCAAUUAUAAGUAACAUAAACUUUGUGACAAUAGAAAACUCCAUCACUAAAUUGUAGAGUAAAAAGGUUGGAUUCAAAUACAUGUUUUGCAGCAUGAGCUUUAAGGCCAUCAAUCCAACUAUAACCAACACCAUCACUGAAUUGUUCCUUCUGCCUGUAUAAAAUGUGCUGCAUGAAAAUGAAUGUUUCAAUGUUAGUUUCGCAAACCAAUUUUGCAUAAAUCAAUAGACAUUGCAGCAAAUUACUUAGUAGUACCUUUGGCAGAUAAGGAUUCUCUUCAUCAUCGAAGGCCUUCCUCAGAAUAUACUUCUCAAUUCGUCCUUCAUCUUUUUUUAUCUGCACGUUUUAAACAAACCAGCUUAGUUAGUACCCGCGAAAACAUUUCCUGUUUUCCAAGAUUUGUACAAGAAACACUAAAAACAACUAUUAUGUUUUCGGUAUUUCAUGUAGAAUUAUUGAAUCAACAGAGUAACACUAAUUACUCAUACCAUUUUAUUCUCAGGAUCAAUAUUCAUUGCAACAUUGAUAAACUCCUUGUCCAAAAAUGGAACUCUGGCUUCUAGACCCCAAGCAAAGGUUGAUUUAUUUGCUCUCUGGCAAUCAUAUUGGUGGAGUGCUUUGAUCUGCAUAUGAAAAAGUAAAAAAAUACAUCUAUUAAUCAUUAUACUUCAACUUCUUUUAUUAUUUUCUAACAUUGAACUUCAUAAUUCUAAAUUAAAUGACCUUGCGGCAUGUUUCUUGGUGGAACUCUUCCUUGUUUGGUGCCUUGUGAAAGUACAGAUAUCCACCAAAUAUCUCAUCAGAUCCUUCACCAGAGAUCACCCAUUUGACACCAAGUGAUUUAAUCUUCCUUGACAUAAGAAACAUAGGUGUACUUGCUCUAAUUGUAGUCACAUCAUAUGUUUCAACAUGGUAUAUAACAUCCUCAAUUGCAUCUAUACCAUCCUAUAUAACAUAAAACUAUAUAUUAAUCAUUUCAUAAUCUCGAUUUCAAAAAUUGAAGUAGCCCUAACUGUAAGCUAAAAAAGUACUAUUUCAAGCAGUGUUUUUAGAACCAGACUGUUGGUUGGUUCAAUCGGUUCUUUUUAAUACUUAUUUAACAGUCAACCGAUUAAAUCAUUUGAACCAUGACCUAGAAGGUUUCGUCGGUUCGAUCUCUAGUCAAAUUUUUAAAACAUUGAUUUCAAGCAGUUACCUGAACAGUAAAGGUAAACUCAUGGUGAACAGUUCCAAGGUAAUCUGCAACUUCUUUUCCAGCCUUAAGAUCAGGUGAGCCCUAUUUGAAAUUAGAAGACAAGAUAUUAAGACAACAUUGAAGGUAUUCUUUUUAAAAAUAAAAGAAUUACAUAAAGUUUGCGAAAGUGAUUCAAAAAUUUAAGUGUAUAUAUGCACCUCAAGGCCAACGCAGAAUGAGUGUAAUUUUGAUCCCCAUUGUUCAGCAGCUUUAGUGGUUGCUAGGUAGCGAGAAGUGAUGGAUGCAACCAAUGAUGAGUCCAAACCUCCAGAUAGUAGAACACCAAAAGGCACAUCAGUCAUCAACCUCUUUAUCACUGCCUGUAAUCACAACCAACCAAGAGGUAAGUAAAAUCUAACCAAAAAUUGUUUAAGUCAGAAAUUGAACUUGAACACUCUCGACCAAUACAUUUUAUCUUUUCUAGUCAAACGAGGUUUGACGACAAAAUCAACUGACAUAAACCAUAUACUAAUGUUUUCACUAAAAUCAUAUAUGACAUGACGCAAGAUCAAUCAUGUUAACUAUGCACCGUAAGUCUAAAACUUUCAAUCCAAUUAUGUGCUAUGAUUUUUAUGAAUCAUACCUUCUCAAAGGCAUGCCUCAAAGCUAGAGGAUCAUAAGGAGCUGAUGGAAUAGCCUCAGAGUACCAGGGAGGAUUGUACCAUCUUCUAAAUCCACCAUCUUUGCUAGAGUACAAAUGACCAGGUGGAAAACACUCAAAAUGUUCACAAUCAUCAUUCAAGGCUUUCAUUUCUGAUGAAAUCCAAACAGAACCUGAAUCCAGACACAUUCCAAAACAUGUUCAAAUACAAACUCAAAAAAUCCAUAAAUUAAAUUAUAAGAUAAGAUAUAACAUAACAUUACCAUCCAAUCCCCAACCAAUGUAUAGGGAAGUUACUCCUAUAGCAUCUCUAGCCACUAUGUAACUGUUAUCACGAGUAUCCAAUAGAACAAAGGAAAAGAUACCAUCCAACUUGUCCACAAAGUCUUCUCCAUAUUCCUCGUACUAAUCAAAAGUUUAACAUCAGUAACAAACAGUUCAUAAGCACAUGUUUAAUCAAGAAUCCAAACCAAACAAAUUAUUACAUCAAAGAUUACUAACCAAGUGUGCAAUAACAUCACAAUCACUUCCCGUUCGGAAUGUGUGAUUAGACAGCUGUUUCCUGAGAGCUUCAUGGUUGUAAAUCUCUCCAUUUACCUGAUUUUCCAAUAAUGACAGAAUUUACCAACAUUAAAUUAGUAAAGUACUAACAUAAUCAUUAUUGUUAUGGACACUCACAUAGACAUGAACAUUAGAUACGACAAUGACACUGACACGUAAAUAUCAAUGAUAACAUAAAAAUGACUGCAUAUUAUCACAUGUGUUAGCGUUGUAUCUAUACUGUUGUUGUCUGACACUCACGCCUUCAAUAUAAAGCGUCGAUGCUACAUGUGUUGUAAUUGAUUUAGCAUAUGUCAUAUAAAUGGCCUACCGUGACAAUGACAGAUUUGUCUUCAUUAAAGAGAGGUUGAUCCCCAGAAGCAGGAUCAACUAUGGCUAACCGUUGGUGUGCCAAAAAGCAGUCACCAUGUUGGUGGAGCCCACUCCAAUCAGGGCCACGGUGCUUCAAUCUGUUACGUCAACAAACAAAUAAUCAAUAAUCAAUCAAUUAUCCAUAUUCAGACACAUUAAACUAAAGGACAAUAAUAUUCUUUCAAUGUUACUAUGUCACCACAUAUUUUUUUAAUAAAAUUACAUUUUAUAUGAGUUGAGUUUGGACUUUACAAUGUUGUAGCAUAUAUUACGCACCACCUAGAAAAUCUUUAUAAGAUGAGUCACAUAAUUAAUAAUUGAACCAAUAUUAGUUUAUCAAAAAAUAAAACUUGAGCUUAUGAAAAAUGUAACUUUCAGUAGAUAUAUUCUAUUCGAUUAAGUAUUAUCAUAUGGAAAAAAGAAUAUAGUUCUACAAUUAUUUAACUCCUUUUAAUCUUUUGUUGUUCAAUUGUCAUUGCUCCUUUGAAUUGUUCAUAGUUCCCACUACAAAAUUUACCAAUAAUUCCAUUUCAAACUGGACCCCACAUACCACUUGUUGGUCCUAAUUGAUAAACAAUCAGUGAUCUGAUUGGAAUAUAUAUUGCCCUCUUAUCUUAUAAAAUUCUUGUUGUUUAAUCUAACUUGAUGGGCAUGGUGACCCAAUAUAAAGUUACCAUGGUUAAUUAAACUAAUUAAAAAAUUUAAAAUAAACAUUCUAUGUUCUCUAUAAUAAAUUAAAGAGUGACUUUUAAAUAAAGUGGAGUGUUAUGAUUACAACUGUUGAAGUUAUAAUCAUAUUAUAUAUAAAUAAAUUAUAAAAUUAGUUAAAAACUUCAAUCAUUGGUUAUUUUUAAUUAAUGAAUAUGACAUGUCUCUUUUUUUAGUCUAAUUACAAAUAUGACGAUUGAAACAAGGAAUAUGGAUUAUGUCACUUGGGUCCCACGUUUAUUCUUAAUCAUCAUCCAAAAUGACAAGAUCAUCACGACCCUGCUAAACAAAGAGUAUUAUUCUGUCUUGCUAUCCAAAUCAGCCACUCUUAACAAGGAAUUUGUUGCUGCACAUAGUAAUAUUCAGCACCAAUUUGCAAAUAGAAACACCCAAAAAGUCAUGGUUGGAUAUAAAUUUAUCCAUAUUAUCUAAUAUAUUUUAUUUAAUAAUUAAAGUCUUCCUGAUUGAUUUUAGAAAGUCCAUAAUGAAAAGCUAAGUAAAUACAAUUAAGAAUGAACAAUUUGAUCUGCAAAAUUUAACAAAUUUUAAUGAAAAAUAAACAAACAUUCGUUCACAUUAGUCUUUUUGCAUCGGUCCAUUUAUUUUUUAUAUUGUCGUGAACGACUAAUGUGAUCAAGAAUUUUUCAAAUCUAAUCAGGUCGAAACCACUAUAAUUGGUCUAGUAGUAAAAGAUUUAGAUAGUAAACAUAUGAUUUUGAUGCACGAUCAAUAUACUAUUACACUCUCAAUUAAUCACAAGAUCGUGUGCAUGGUUUUGAAGUUAGAUAUGAUGAAAGUUAAACUUUGGUUACAAUUGAUUAACGGUGUAAAAAAUCUUUAUACCGACCAGUGCAUAUAGAUUAAAUCCGACAAAAGUAUCAUGUGUAAAACAUGAAAUUAAGAAUACAAGAAUAGAAAGAGAAUAAUUGCCUGCGUGAAAGCUCAAGGACACGAACCCUCUUAGCUCUAGUAGGAUCAGAGCAACCAAGCACAGCAAGAAUACCACACAUUGUAGUAUAUGUUUAUAUGAUGAAGAAAUCAAAGAGAGAAAUAAUUUAGAAUAAGCUUAGCUUAGUUAGAAUAAAGAAGAAAAGAUAAGUGAAGAACACAACCACAUGUAGUAGUUGUAGUAAUGGUUUUGAAAUUGAAGGCUUAAAGGAAAUAAUUUAGGAUACAUAACACUUCUUACAACACGUAUUUAUAAGACAUAAUGUGAAUGAUAGACAUAAAAUGCUGACGGUGAAACGACGUCGUUUUUCUAUCAUUCAAUGUACUGUUAUUGCUACUAGUUGGUCCAUGACACUAGACAUGGGACCCACAUCUUGUACCAAGUAUAUUAUGCCAUGUGGUGAAACGUGGUUCGUUCUUGGUAUAGACUUUUUUUGUUAUUUAAUUUUUCUUUUAAGUGUAAAAUAAAUAUCCAGUAAUAUAUCAUUAUUAUUUUUUGGUUUUUUAUUCUAGUUUGUGUUCACAUGCUACAAUUUUGUUCCUUAUCAAAAUACUAUCUUUUGUUAGUAAAUUUCAUGUGUAUUAGGCAGCUAGUUGUUAACUUGAUAACUUCAUCUUUCAUCAUGAACUAAUGAAGGUUUUUUUUUUUUUUUUUUUUACAAAAGCUAAUGAACCUUUUAAACUAUGUUAGAUUUUUUAAUUUGAUCCUUAUGUUUUUGUUUUUAAAAUAAAUAUUCCAACAAAUAAAAGAAAUCAUUAUUAUUUUAUCUAUCAAAUGCUUGAUUGUAUGAGUAGGUCGUCAUACUUCACCACUCAAUUGAAUGGGCUAAUCUUUUACAACGUGAAGAAUGAAUUUUGAUUUGUGGUUUGAAGUGGUCAUAUUUGGCGGUAACAAUGCUUCAAAAAUUAUUAUUUUUCAUGGAAGAAAAGGUGAAAAAAUGGGUGACUAAAUUAAGUCUUUGUCAUGAGCGAGAUUGUUUAUGAUAGAAAGUCUUUCUCUUAUUUAACAUUAUGGUAAAAAGAUACCCUUAUUGUUGCUUCAAAUAAUUUGGUGUCUAUAAAUAUUGGUGUUUUUAUAGGCAUCGUCUCUCUCCUCUUAUUUGCGGAUCUAUAAUACACAAAUAAUUGUAAAUCUCUUCCAUUUUAUAAUAUUUUAAUAUUAAAAAAUAAAUAAAAUAAUUGAUGCAAAUGAUUGAUUAUUUUAUCAACCUUCAAUUUUUAUUUUCAAUCAAAGACCAUUUUUAUUUUUCCUUACUACAGUGUUGAUCAGAAGCAUGAUGUUAUUUAAAUUAGGUAAUUUACCAUCAUUUUAAAUUAUUAUUUUCUAUUUUUAAUUAUUUUUCAAAUUAUUAAUAAAAGUGGGAAAAAAUAGUACAUAUUUUUAUAAUUUAUAAUUGAAUUAAAUUAAUUUUUCAAAAAUUAGAUAAUUAUGAAUAAAUGAAUAGAUAAAUCAUUGAAAAAAUUAAUGAUAUAGGAUUAUUGUUAGAAAUCAGUUAAUAAUUUUUUUUAAAUGCUGAGUUUGAGAGAUUAAGUGUUUAACAAGUAUUAGUUAUAAAACUAGUGACUUGUACAAACAAGAUCUGUUUAAACAUCCAAAUGCGGAGUUCCAUUGUGUAUGAUUUAAGGUCUAGAUUAACCUUAUGAUAGCUUUGUUGGAUAUUAAAUUUGAUUGCAAUGUAAAAGAAUUAUUUUUAUUUAAUUUUGGGGCUAUUAAGGAUGUUAAAUACUCUUUCUAAGGUAAUACUCCACUUUACUCUUAAAUUAUUAGAACUUCUCAUAUCUUUCAUGAUGGUGUUUCAUUAGAUACGCAGAUUUAGUAAAUGUAACAGCAUUUUCCUCGUAGUAUAAUGAAAACAUCUUGUGAUAGUCUUGUUUAGGGGUCUUCAUGUACCUCAAUAUUUUCAUGCCCAAAAGAUUACAAACUCUUUAACCUUGUCUCAUGAAUAGAGCAUUGGUCUAGAUACAUAUUGCAACAAGUUUUAAUACCUAGGGCAUAAGUUUUAAUAUAAUCCCUAGAAUAAAUGCUCAAAGCAAUUGAGUUAAAAGAUGUUUUAAUAUUUAACAGACUUAAAAUGGAGAUAUUUUAAUCCUCGUUUGGCACUAGAUACAUAUUAUGAAUAUAUAUUGGUUUUUUUAAUUUUGAAUUAUAACCACAAUGAGACGUAUUUAAGAUAAUGUAAGAAUUAUGAACUCUUAGUUAAAGAUUUAGUGUAGUAUUGUUAUUAGGCUUAUGGCUUGUAAGUCUAGACAUUGUUUUAGUGGGUUUAGAGUAUAAGAUAAGACCCUCGGUUUAUUGGAUAAAACAUUCUAUGUUGAAGUAUAUUGUUAAUAUUUAGAACACAGUAGAAAAUAGAAAGACAAGUGAUAUAUAAUUCUCAUUGAUCUGUGUGUAAAAGUACAUGACAGGUUUAUUUAUACACUAAAAUAAAGAGAAGACUAAUCAACAUGUAUAAAUACAAUUGAAUAGAAUACUAAUAAGCAGGCUAACUAAUAGGUUAUAGUUAAUGAUAAUUAAAUUAAAUAUUAACAUGUAACAUCCCCCCACAAGCUGGACUAUGAAGAUCACAUAGGCUAAGCUUGGAAACCAAGGAAUUGAAAGCUGGAGACAGAAGUGGUUUUGUCAACAAAUCUGCUAUUUGAGAAGAAGAUGGCACGGGAAAGAGAUGAAUGAGACCACUUUGAAUUCUUUCGCGCACAACAUGACAAUCAAUCUCAAUGUGUUUUGUUCUCUCAUGAAAUGUUGGAUUAUGAGCAAGAUAUAUGGCUGAUUUAUUGUCACAAUAUACUGAAGCUGGUUGUUGAAAGUUGAUAUGAAGAUCCUUGAACAAAUAGGAGAGCCAUUGUAAUUCACAAGUAAGGCUGGCCAAGGCUCUAUACUCAGAUUCAGAGCUGGAUCUAGAAACAGUUGUUUGCUUCUUAGACUUCCAUGAGAUGAGGGAAGAGCCAAGAAACACACAAAAACCGGAGACAGAUCGUCUAGUAGAGGGACAGCUAGCCCAAUCUGAAUCAGCAAAACCUGCAAGUUUGACGGGAGAUGAAGAUGAAUAGAAUAACCCUUUGGCUGGAGAGUUCUUGAGAUACUUCAGAAUCUUUGUAGCAGCUUGAAAGUGGACUUCACGGGGCUUGGAAACAAAUUGACUAAGUUGUUGAACAGCAAAAGCAAUGUCAGGCCGCGUGAGUGUCAAAUAGAGAAGUCUACCAAUCAAACUUCUGAAGGAGAAUUCAUCAUGAUAUGGAGGGGAAUCAGAAUUAUGCAACUUUAAGGAGGUAUCAUAGGGAGUGGAACUAGGCUUAACAGCCAUGUGACCACUAUCUUCAAGAAGCUCAAGAGUAUAUUUGCGUUGAUUCACCGAAAUUCCUUUGUUUGAUCUUGCUAUUUCCAAGCCAAGAAAAAAUCUUAGCUUCCCAAGGUCUUUGAUGCGAAAUUUUUGAUCCAAAAACUGCUUAACAUGCUGAAUUUCAGCAUAAUCAUUUCCUGAUAAAACUAUGUCGUCCACAUAAACUAAUAAGGCAGUAAAAUUGGUACCUUUUAGCUUAGUGAACAAAGAAGAAUCAGCAACAGAAGGAGUGUAUCCGAGAGAAACCAACGCUGCAGAAAGUUUGGCAUACCAUUGCCUACUAGCUUGCUUCAAGCCAUAGAGACUCUUAUUUAACCGACAAACUUUAAGAUCAUUAGAAUCUGAAUUUUGAAGCUUCAGACCAGGGGGUAACACCAUGUAAACUUCUUCAUUGAGGUCACCAUGGAGAAAUGCAUUAUUGACAUCAAAUUGCUCAAGAAACCACCCUUUGAUGGCUGCCAAAGAAAGUAAUGUUCUAACUGUAGUCAUUUUUGCAACCGGUGAAAAAGUAUCAAAGUAAUCAACUCCUUCCAUUUGAGUAUAACCCUUUGCAACUAACCGGGCUUUAUGCCUUUCAAGAGAACCAUCAGAGUGGUAUUUAGUUUUGUAAACCCACUUGCAUCCAAUUGGAACUUUUCCUGGUGGUAAAUCAACAAUUGACCAAGUAUUUGUGGCUGCAAGAGCAUGUAACUCAGCUUUCAUAGCUUCUUUCCAACAUUCAAUCUUACAAGCUUGAUUAUAGGUCUUAGGUUCAGGGUUAGAAGAAACAGUUAGACAAAAAUUUUUAUAUGAAGGAGUGCAAUGAUCAUAUGUCAAAACAGAAGAGAGAGGAUAUGCCGAUUUACCUGAGUCAGAGAGUAAUUGUGAUUCAGAAGAAGUAAGGAGACUGCAGUGAUAGUCUUUAAGAUAUGCCGGUGUUGUUUUAGGUCGUGCAGAUCGUCGAAUAGGUACAUCUGUUGUGGUCUGAUCUGGAAUAGCUGUUGCAGAAGAUGUAGCAUUAGGAGGGGUAGAAUUAUGUGUUGUAGAAGUAUCAGAAUUAUCAAGGUUUUGAGAGAGAGGAAAAGAAGAAUUUGGAAUAACAGAUGAUUGGAUGGGUUCAUGAUAGGAAGAAAGAUGUGAAUUAUCAACGGAGACAUGAGGUGUAGAGGAAUCAGGGGAACAUCGUUCAUGCAAUGUAGAAAAUGGAAAAGAUGAUUCAUGAAAGAUGACAUUUCUUGAUAAGAAAAAUUCAUGUGAAUGAAGAUCAUAAAGAAGGUAACCCUUGGUGCCUUCUCUAUAUCCAAGAAAAACUGAUUUUCUUGCUCUAGAAUCAAAUUUGGUUCUAUGACUUUGGAUGGUGGAGGCAAAAGCAAGGCAACCGAAGACUUUUAGGUGAAUUAAAGAAGGUUGUUGUUGGUGAAGACAUUCAUAUGGGGAUUUAUUUUGUAGAAGGGGAGUUGGGAUUCGAUUAAUGAUAUGGACAGCUUGUUGAAUUGAAAAAUGCCAAAAAUUGGUAGGGAUAUGAGAUUGAAAGGAGAGGGCUCGAGCCACAUUAAGGAUAUGUUGAUGCUUCCUUUCUACAAUACCAUUUUGUUGAGGAGUCUCAACACAAGACCUUUGAUGAAUGAUGCCUUUAGAAAGAUAAAAUGAAGGCAUGAUGAACUCAAGUCCAUUAUCACUUCUCAAGCAUUUAAGUUUCUUAUGGAAUUGAGUAUCAAUGAAAGAAAUGAAAUUCAUGAGAUGAUUUCUUGUUUCACCUUUACAUUUCAUAAAAAUGACCCAUGUAAAUCUACUAAAGUCAUCAACCAAGGUUAAAAAAUAUUUAAAUCCGGAAACAGAAGGGGUAGCAUAGGGUCCCCAAAUAUCAACAUGUAGUAUAUCAAAUAUUUGAGUGGAAUGAAUAAGACUAUGAGGAAAUGAUGUUUUCUUAUGUUUUGCAUAAUGGCAUAUAUCACAAGGAGAGUGGGUACUGGUGUAUUUUACAAUGGGAAACUGAAUGGAAAUACAUUUGUGUAUGGAAUCCGAAAUGUGACCCAAUCUAUAAUGCCAAACAUUUGCAGAAUCAGUUGACUUAGACGACAAACUUGGAAAAACAGAAUUACAAAUUGAAGCAGAAACUAAACCAUUAUUUUGAGAUUUAUUUAGCAGUGAAGAAUCCAACACAUACAGUCCUCCAAACUUCUUAGCUGUACCAAUCACUCUCUGAUUCAAAAUCUGCACAAUAGAACAUGUAUCAAUAGAAAACAAGAAACUGGCAUUAGAAGUUUUCAAAAAUUGAGAUAUUGAAAAUAAAUUGAUGUUGAAAUCAGGAAUGUAGUAAACAUUAUGAAGGAUAAGUGAAUUGGAUAAGGAUACUGUGCCUGCUAUGGUUGUCACUAUUUUAUUACCAUUUGGUAGUGACAUGGAGAUAGGUGGAAUGUUGUAGAAAGAAGAAAAAUUUUGCAAACAGUGAGUGAUAUGAUCAGUUGCUCCUGAGUCUAUGACCCAAAGAGUAGAUUUCUUACCGAUUAUGGGAGUGGAUGUGGAAGUAUAAGCUGCGGGAAGUGAGAUAACUGAAUUGACAGCAGGCUGAGGCAUAGUAGCAUUGGUGUUUGACGUUGAAGCUUGCAAAUUUGAAUGUUGUAGAAGCUGCAAAAUCUGAUUAUAUUGCUCAUGGAUAGAAUUCAGUGAAGGGCUGCUAACAGAUCCUUGGUUCUGGACAGCAUCAGUAUACUUUUGUUCAGAAACCGCAAGAUUCGCUGACUUAGGACCUUUGUUUUGAUAACCAGGAGGAUAGCCAUGGAGAAGGAAACAAGUCUCAAUUGUAUGAUUAUGUCUUCCACAAUGACUACAAGUGCGAGUAAUGCCUUGAUUAUGUCCUCUUGUUCCAUUAUAAGAUCCUUUACCUCGACCUCUAUAGCUAGAAGAACCACCACGAGCAAAACCUUUGUUAGAAUUGGUUUGCUGAACUUGAUUAACAGCUGAUUGUUGAUCAACAGGAAUUUCACCAAAAACAGGAAUAUGUGUUUGUCUUUCUUGUUGAAGUACAAGAGAAAAAGUCUUAUCCAGUUCAGGCAAAGGAUUAAUUAGCAUAAUCUGAGAGCGCACAUGUGCAUAUUGCUCAUUCAAACCUUUCAAAAACUUAAUUACUUUGUCUUGCUCAUUAUACUUUUUGAGAUCAGAAGCAACACCACAAGUGCAAGGGAUGGCACAAGUGCAAUCACGAAUUGGCCGGAAGUUCUGAAUUUCUUCCCACAAAGUGGUUAAUUGUGUAAAAUAGGAGGAGAUAUCAAGAUUACCUUGUUGAAAUUUAGCCAAUUCCUCAAGAAUAUCAGCAACUCUGAAAAUAUCACCCUGUGCAAAACGGUUCUCCAAUCGCUUCCAAACCACGGAGGCUCGAUCACACCAAAUGAUUGAUUUCACAAUGGUUUCAGAAAUACAUCGUUGAAGCCAAGACAGAACCAUGUUGUUACAUCUUAACCAUGGUUCAUGAAGGAGAUCUGAAACAGGAGGAGGAUUUAGGGUGCCAUCAACAAAUUUCAAUUUGUUCUUGGAAAUUAAGGCGACCCGCAUAGAUCGCGACCAAGUCUGGUAAUUCUUGUUAUCCAAUGAUGGAGUAACAAGAACAAGUGAUGGAUUUUCAUUAGGAUGCAAGUAGUAAGGAUUUGAAGGAUUGGUUGCAAAAUCAAAAAAUGGUGGAUUCUCCAUAGAGAUGAAAGAAAUCAAAUAAUCAAGGAAUCAAAUGAACAGCGGAAUGAAAACUGAAAAUAAAAAUUCAGAAAUUGAAUAAUAAAGAGGAUUCUUGAGAUGAAUCGAUCAACAAGAGAAAUUGAUGAAGAGAUUCACAACUGAUACCAUGUUAAUAUUUAGAACACAGUAGAAAAUAGAAAGACAAGUGAUAUAUAAUUCUCAUUGAUCUGUGUGUAAAAGUACAUGACAGGUUUAUUUAUACACUAAAAUAAAGAGAAGACUAAUCAACAUGUAUAAAUACAAUUGAAUAGAAUACUAAUAAGCAGGCUAACUAAUAGGUUAUAGUUAAUGAUAAUUAAAUUAAAUAUUAACAUGUAACAUAUAUUGAUACUAAUACUCUAGAAGUACACAAUAUUUACAUGUUAAUUUAUAUGCAUUUCGUUUGUAAAUGGUGUAGACAAGGAAUUGCUAAUUUUAAGUAAUAACUAUACAUACAAGUGUAUGUAAUUCAAGUGAAUGUUUUUUAUGAUGUGGACUAUUGAAUCUAUUAUAAUUUUUUAUUAUGCAAAUAAAAUUCACUUGCACACAUCAUUAACAUUGUAGAAAAAAAUAUGACUACAAUGUAAAUCAUCAAAGACAUUUUAAUGUUUUUCUACUAUAGUGUAAUCAUCAGAGAUUUAGUAAUGAAGUUACAUAUCUAGUCAUGCUUCUGGUUUCACACUCUACACCUGUGAAACCCGGAUACCAGAUACGAUACUGCACCGAUACGUCGAUACAGAAAAAAAUUAAAAAUCAAGAUACGAUACGGUUGGGAUACGUUAAUAAAAAAAUUAUAUAAUUAAAUGUACAAUAUAGUUAUAACCAUUUUUUUUAAUAUGCAAAUAUAUUAACAAGCAAAAGAAACCGGUCAUAGGCUCCUAGCACAUCAACAUAAAUAUAAAUAAUAUUGACGAUUAAGAGAGUGAUGAUUAGUCAAUUAGAAACACAAUAUAUCCACAAAAAAAAAAAAAACACCAUUAGUGCUAUACUAUAUCCAAAAUGAACAUUGUUAGUGUUAUACUAUAUCGAUCCAAAAAAAGCACUAUAUUCAAAAAAGAACACAUCACUACUCAGGAGUUAAGUUAUUUUAGUUAACAUUAAUUGGGAAAUAUCAGGGCAGAUAUCGGUGCAGAAUAAUUAUUGAAUACUCUCCUGGUACGUGUAUCGGGAAGUAUCGGAUAAUUAUUUUUUUUUAAAAUAAAAUUUAAUCUUCGGAUACUCUCCUGAUACGUAUCGGGAAGUAUCAGGCAGGUAUCGGUGCAGGAUACGCAGGGGAUACGGUACGUCAUCCAUUUUGAAGUAUCGGAGCUUCAGCUACACACAUCAUCAAAGACAUUUUAAUAUUUUGGUGCUAUUAAGGAUAUUAAAUACUUUUUCUAAGUUAAUACUCCACGUUACUCUUGAAUUAUUAUAACUUCUCAGAUGUUUCAUUAGAUACAAAGAUUUAGUAAAUGUACAACAUUUUCCUCAUAGUAUAAUCCAAAACCACUUGUGAUCGAUAAUUUUGUUUAGGGGUCUUAAUAUAUCUCAAUAUUUUCAUGCCCAAAGAUUACAAGCUCAUUAACCUUGUCCGGUAAAUAUGGCAUUGGUCUUUUUUCUUUUUCUUAGUUAAAGAUUUAGUAUUGUUAUUAAGCUUAAGACUUAGUUAAAUAACUUAUUUUAAUAUUUUGUAUUAACUAGUAGUUUUUUAAACAACAAUAGGAUGGGAUUGAGUCCAGAAACAUGAUAUGUGCAUAAUUGGCGUCGAAUUAUUUAUAAUUAUUACUAAUAUAAAAUAUGGUCAAUUAUUUUACCAAAAAAUAUGGUCAAUUGUUAUUGAGCACUAAUUAUGGAUAAAUAAUUUGAUUAUAAAUGGACCGUGAUGGGUUUGACGAUUUAAUAAGUUCAAUAAGAGAUCUCUAUCUUGAAUCGUUUAACUAUUAAAACUUUAUCACUAAGACGUUUAGAAAUACUGUGAAACCUAAUCUAUGAACCUAAAGAUGAUGAGGAUAGUGCAGGCCUCUCAUAGUUGCUCUCUCAUCGGUUGUGUCAAAUCAUAUAUGUCUGAUAAAAUAUGGGUAGAGUUACUUGAUGACAAUCAAAAUCGUUUAUUUUUCUUUAAUUAUUUGUGUUAUAUUUAUAAUAUAAAUAGAAUAUUUUAUAUGUUGCUAAUAAUAAUUUAUCCUGGCAGACAAGCAUGGGAUGAAUGAUCGAUUAUGAGACAAGUAUAUAUGAAGCCAAUGAAGUAGUUGUCUGUCCAAAAACUGCAUGCAACCCGAAAAUUGGAUAUCAGUACAGAUAAACCUCUUCUAUACGCUUAUCAAAAUAUCACAUGCAACAAAAAACACACGCAUGUAUUUUAGUCCCACUACUUUUCUGAAAUCUUUCAAUAUCAAAUCUCAACCAUUUUCUAGUUCAGUGAUUCAUAUUUACGUUUCCAUGUGGAAAAUGAUAAUAACCUUAACUGACCCAUUAAAUUAGGUUCUAUAUUAUUUCUUUUCAAGUAAAAAAUUUAACAGAAAUAGAAAAGUUAGUUUUCUAAGUUGUGUUAUGUUCCUUGCAAUGUAAUGCUUUUACUUGUCGAAGAAAGAAAAGAAACGUGAAUCUACUUAAUUUUAAUUCAUAUGAAUGAAUGAAUGAAUGGAUCCCCAAUUCCCCAUAACUUUACGUCAAGUGUAUUAUUUAAUUUAUUUACAUUAGGGUUCUUUAUAUAAUUUUUAACCAAUUAUAUAUGGUUGAGCUAUUUUAUGCUCACACUAGAUCUUUUUUUUCUUUUUCUAAUCAACAUAAACAUGGCUUAAAUUUGAGAUAUAUGAACAUGAGGCCCGUGUGCAUUACAUCAUGUGCAAUUAAGUUCGAUGGGUUUUGUGGCUUGGCUUUUAGGCAGAUCUUAGGGCUCAUUUAUGUUUGCAUGUGUAUAGUUAAUCUAAGUUUGAGGUUCUAGUUCGUAUAAAAUAAGUGGAGGACUAUAAUUGAUUGACAAGUGGGUGUCCUUUAAUUUGUUUUCAUGGUGGACAAAAAUUGAGGAUCACCCAUGUUUGAUUUAUGAAGAAAAAUAAAAUAAAAUUGUUAAUAAUUGUUAUAAAUUUAAUGAAUGACAUGCAAGAUUCAAGUGAUUAAUAAAUUUUAGUUAAAAACGAACUGAUAGGGAAUUUCGAAUUCGAUAUUUGGCUGAACAAUCUUUAAAAACUAGAGGUUAAGCUUUAGUUUGAUGUUAUGGGAUGCAGUAUCCUCCAGAUUAGUUUCUUCUCUUAGACAAUAAAACUAAUAUCAACAAUAAAAAUGAAAUUAAAAAUAUUAAGCUGAGCAAAAAAAAAAAAACUUGGGGCCUUCAAAACCCUACGAAGUCCCUGUCCACAGAAUUAAGUCAUAAUCUGAUGGUUAACUUUGUUUCUGAAUACGAUAUCGAUUUUUAGCAUCCAAAUCUUAGUGGCUUUUAGAGGUUACAUAGAGUUCUUUUGAUACUUCACUUCAUGACAAUUUAACAUGGUUUAUGCCUUACAAGUUUGGUUUAUGACUUUUGGUAGCUCUGUUAGGUCGUUUAUCAAUUUUUAUUUUCAUUAUUUCCUAAUCCACAUAAGUGAAGAUUUUGAUUGAUAAAGACUUUCUCAACCUCCUCAAUUCAUAUAGUUGCAUACAGCAUACUGUUUAUAUACAAUAAUAGAAAUGUUAGUUUAGUUCACUCUCAAAUCAAUUAAUGGAAUACAAUUACUUGUAAGCACCAAUAUAAAGUUAAAAUAGAAAUCAAAUAAAAAACUUCGCAGCAUUAUUGAACUCAACUGAAUUACAUAUAUAAUUUUGAGAAGUUUGUUUUUGAACAUUAGGUACGUAAUUGUCUAAUAGGUUCUCUCUAUAUGAGGUAAUCAUAUUUGAGGUGUACGUCGGUCUGCGACACCCAACAUGUGUUGGUUUACGUCGGUUUAUAUAAAAUAAACAAGAUACUUAAGAAAUUUGAUGAUUUUUCUAUCAUCUAUCUGCCAGUUUAAAUUGACUUAUUUGAAUUUAUUUGUUCAGUUUACUUUCAUAAACUCUAAGAAAAAUUAUGAUAACAGUUAUGACUUAUACAAAGUAAAUUAACUUUAUUUUAUCUUUGUUGUAAGAAUAUUUUUUACACAAGUGUUUACCAUGAACAGCAGAUUAAGUUACUUAUCCAAGUAUAUCAACGUGAUAAACGACUAAAAUGUUGUGUAAUUUCAUAAUCAUAUGGCAUAAAUACAGCAUCGAAGGGUUUCAUAAAAUCCUUCUUACUGUUAAAAUUAAAAUAUAUGAGCUGCUUAAUUAUAAUGUGUCACUGUGAUGAACACUCAGACAGUAGUAACUAGUAAUGGAAUCUAAAGUUCCUUACAAACUUAGCAUUGAUGAUACUCAACAUUACCGAUAACUUUGAUAAAAAUCAAUAAUGGCCAAAUAGAAACAUAGUAUGAUAAAAUUACAAAAUACAACUAGUGUACUUUCCCGUGCCAUGCCAACAUAAAUUAAAAUUUGGCAUUCUCUCUAAACUCAUUCGAGGAGCUAAUCCAUAUAACUAAUGACCUACUUAACUCUCUGUUUCUGUUGAUUUUUGUCCUUUCCGCGACCUCUUCCUUUUCCUGCUUCUCUUCACUGUGUUGUCUCCUUUGGUUUCCUGCGUAAGAGUCAAGUAAAGGAAACAUCUAACAGAUCAGUAAGAAGCAUGCAAAAUAUAAGUUCCAGCAGAUAAGACACAUUUAAAAUAUGCUAUAUACUAUAAAAUAGCUGAACUAAACUAAGGGGUUUGGAAUUUGUUUAAUAUGCAUGCAUAAACAAAACCAGAACAGCUAAGUAUAUAGCAUCUAAACUGUUUUGCGCAGUUGCAACAGCCAACGCUAUCUUAAAUUGAAAAGAAAACUAGCAUUACAGAAUUCAGUUUUUCAGGUUAGACGGUAUUCUAAAAAAGACAUGGUUAGCAGAAGGGUUCGGCUUGGAACUAUUGUCGGCCUAUCAUAAGCAGCCUUAAUUUGCAAUUUUAAGAGUCAUGACAAAUUGAAGAAAAGUUAACAGAUUAGUGUUUUCAAGUUCAAAUUGAAGAAACAUUUAAAUUUUGCCAACAACCCUACCUUUGUAGGAUUAUUUUGGUUUUCACGACUUUUCUUCUUCUUGCACGAAAGUGGGUUUGGACCCUGCAAAGUUCAUAGCAAUAUCAUCAAAAAGUGACGCAAUACAACUGUUACAACAACAACCAAAUAGUAUCCCACUAAGUAUGGUUGGCUACAUAGAUCAAAUUACACCAUAAUCAAUGCAAUAACUGUUCUGUUUUAUAGGGGAACUGUUGGAAACAAUAAAUUAAUAUGAAUCAUCCCAGCAUACAUGUGAACAUGUUUAUAUUUGUUAAGUUUCAAGGAAACAUCAUAGAACACAACUUAAAAUCAAAACAUAAUACAUCUGCAGAAAAAUCUACCUCUGGGACAUCAUGAUCAAUAAAUGUUCUUAAAACUAUUUGACCCAUCAAAUGUUUUCCAAAUGCAACAAAUUUUAUAGUUACCCUCCUAAUACCCAUUAACAUGACCAUAUUUUCAUUUUUACAAAAUUAUCGUAGGAUAACAUAGAGUAAAUGGAGGGAGAGAAAACCAUAGCUCUUUAUUUUACUAAACCGUUCAAGUUAUAGAAAAUUUUGAACACUCAAAGCCAAAAUCCAAAAUACACGGCCAUAUAACUAUAUUAUCAAAGUGCAUCAAGUGCUGCAGGUAAGAGAGGGGGAGAGAAAAAGAAAUUAAUUUGUGGCAAAAAUAUAUCAAGUCUGUAUGAACAAAUUAAUUUCUAAUUGGCUGCUACCAGCUUGUUUUAUCAACAAAAGAAUACUGUCAGUUAGUUAACAGUCACUUCCAUGUGGUAGUGUAAGCUGGAGUCUUUUAGUUCUGUCAGCAUUAUGUCCCUAAAAUAUUCAGUUACAUAGUUACUGUUAUAAUCAGCUAAGAUAUCACAGAAUAAUAGACCAUCUUUCUCAAGUUAUAUCAUUUCCUUUGGUUUCUAAAUUUCCUAUAUGUUUCUCUCAUUACCUCUAUCAGCUACAAACAAAAUGGUAAGCUAUAAGCCUAUCUAUGUUUAGACAUGUGAAAAUCAAUAACCAAUCAAGAAAAAAGACGCAGCACAAAAUUAAAAUAUAACCUUUGCUUUUCUUCUCUUGAAUUGAGGUUUAUCCCUGACGCCAUUCUGAUUCCUUGAAAUUAUGCUUCUUUUUAUUGCCUGUGCACUUGCAAUCGAAUCUCCUAAAUCAUUGUUUUCCACUAUUUCAGCAUUGGAAUUAUCAGCUUCACCAUCAGCCAGUUUCUUCAUAGCCCUAUCCUUAAAUAUCUGGUACUCUUUAUCGGUCAUAUGCAAUCGUCUUUCUUCAGAAGUUUUGACAUACUCCUUCUGAAAUGCAGAUGGAGAUUCGAGGAAAAGAGCAUUUCUGAGACCAAAUAUGAGGGGCACACCAGGUACCUGCAACAAGCGGAUAAAGACUAAACAUAUGUACAAUGGGACAAAUUUACACAAAGUCAACAUAUUUUAGACGUAAAUACGCAGAAGUUCAGUGGCACUGUGACACAGAACAUGCCAUUAAUGCAAAUAACAUUUUAUCAUGUUUACAAAGUGACAGCAACAUAUUGAAUUGGUACAAUCAACAUUACAAAAAAAAUAUUCCAACCUCUUCCAACUUCUUCCGUAGGUCAGUGUCCUGACUAGCAACAAAGAAGUGCUCGGAAUUAUUUUCUCCAACAACCUCCAUGAUGCAGGAAUCGGCCCUCACACAUUUAUCAUGCUCGCAUCUGCAAAUUGGAAUUUAGAUCAAAUUAUAAAACCAUCACCACAGCAAUACUUGUGCUCAAAUAUCUCAACCCAAAACAACAAUCCUUUCCAGUCUAGUGGACUAAUCAAAUAUUAGAUACUGAUUAUUAAGACUUAAAAAGUUAACAGCUUCGAUUCUUCACAUUAGGCAGCCUUUUAACAUGUCAUUUCAGUCGGCCAGAAAAGUGAUUCAGAGUAGGAAUGUCAAGGUCAGUUCUAUACAUAUUUGGGUCUAUAAAUAUCAAUUCUCAAUGCAAUUAUAUCAUUUAUAACAGAUCUCAAUGAGGGUAACAAAGUAAGUACACUAGUGAUUUGGGUGAUCCGCAAUAUUAGAUACUGAUGAUUAAUCAAUUGGGCGAGGAGCUAAAGGUGGCUUUCUUGCCAAAUAACAAUAUAAGGGGCAGAAAAAAAUUAGAAAGAACUUCAAAUAUGAGCAACAAGAGUAAAUGAAAACCUAAAGGAUUUAAAACGCUUAAAUUCUUCUGAAACUUCAAAGUUGUUUCUUCAUUGAGGCAAAAGGAGGUGUUGCUUUGUGUCUAACAAAAACUUAUUGGACUGAAUUAGACAGACCCACUUUCUUCAAAUUUGUGUUUUCUCAACCUAAUAUAGUGUUGAUAAUGGUGGAAUAUAGAAAAAGGGCAGAAAUUUAUCAUAUAAAGAUGCCAUUGCAGCCUACGGUGCAGCCAUGGCAGGAACCCCUUUACAAAUUGCCUAUGGGGAUUGUCAAAAACUCCGAUAUUGCCAGUGGCCACCAUUUAACAACACUAACCUAACCAAGCCUUCCAAAACUACAUCACCCAAACAUGCUGACCGAAUUAUUCGGAACCAGCCCAUUUGACCCCUCUCUUAAAUAAAAUUAGUAUAAUAAAUUUACAUUUAAAGGGUCUCAGCCUACUCAAUCCGGUAUCAUUCAUCAUGCACAUCUAUCUUAAUGACACAGGAAAAGUUUGUUAAACAACUAGGCUCUGUUUGGAUAACCAACUUAAUUUGCAGCUUAUAGCAUAAACACUUAUCAUGAUAAACGCUUAUGCAUAACCUAUUUCCAUAACAAAAGUAUAAAUAACGUUAAAUUGUUUUCGUAAAGUCUCCUAAACAGUCUCACCAGUGCCUAUAUCACUAGAUAAGCUCAAAUACACAAGUCAAUUCAAACAGCAGUAAGAAGUGUGUAUACCUUGCAAUUAUAAGAUCAUUCGCUGCAUCAAGAGCCUCUGAAUACGACUUCCCAAGCCGUUUCAAUUCAGCAACAACACAUCUACAUCACCACAAUCCAAAACUCAAAUCAACAACACGAAAAAAAAAAUCAAAACAAAAACAAAAGCACCCAAAACAAAACAAAACAAAAUAAAAACAAAAACCUUGUUGUGUAGAGCUUGACAGUGGCACUAAGAAUAUUGGCAAGAGCAGUAUCAGCAGGUGUUAUACGAUUGACAAUAAGGUGAUUAACAAAUGUUCCAUCACAUAGAACUUUGUAAGGUUUUCGAAAACCAAAACAUGCAGUGUAAAACGUUAAACUCUUCCUAUGUCUCUUUUGUUUCUUAACCUUCAUCUACAUAAAAAAAUCAAAAAAGGGUAUUCAAAUUAAACAACAAAGAAACUAAAUUUGAAGUUUGGUGUUCAGUGAUAAUAACAAGUUCUUUCAUAUACCUUAUACAAAAAAUCUCAGCUGCCGGCGACGAUCAACUCCGACGGCGGUUCCCGGCAAUGUUUUGUUUAUUGCGGCGGUUCGGUGACGACAGCGGCUGUGAGACUGAAAGGAGAAUACGGUGUAUGGAAAUUGUGAAGGUUAAUGGAUAAUGGAUAAUAACCGGUUAACUCAAUGGUAACCGACCCGUUUUAAGUUUUGUCAAAAUGGACUGGAUCAGUUAAAAUGAAAUUGCUAUGAAACAUUACCUCAUCGGCGGUUAACUGCCGUCGGUUAGGUUUUAACAGCAGUUAACUCUCUCCGUCAGUUGGCUUUCAACGGUAGUUAAAUACCGUUGCAACUUGCAAUCAAGCAUUCACACAACAUGUUCUGUUUUAAGAAUCAACCAAAAUUCAGUUUCUUUAUUACCUGUAAUUCAAAAAAACAACAAUCCAGAGGUAGUACAACCUUUAAACCAAUUAUAAUCACUCACAAGCAAGAACAAUACAUAAUUUUGUACAAUUGACCAAAAUUAAAUCAAUUCGACAUUUCGUUAAAAUUACACGAAUGUUCGAAAUUCAACAAAAGUGCAAUAGUAGGUGUAAAUAAUAACUUAUUUGAUGGAAGGGGAAAAUAGGUGAUGAUGGAACAGUAAGUAGGAGUAGGUUUUUGUAAUCAACAGUAUCCAUGCGCAAUGGCAGUUAAUUGUCGUUGAAAGCUAAUUGAUGGUGUGUUAACCGUUGUUGAAACUUAAUCGGAAGUAAUUAAUUGUUGAUGAGGUUAUAUUCGUCAUUUCAUGAUAUUUUAUAGCAAACUUUGAUGUGGGAGCGCAACAAUUUUCCAGUUUUUAUGCACACCCCUUAGAUACAAGGGUAAAGUGACACUGAAUGAUGGUGUUUCAUACAUGAUUAUGUGAUAUUUUCUAAUAGUAUAAAUUGUUUUACAUAAUACAUCUUUCGAUUUUAUAUGAGCAUAAAUAACUAUUUUCACACUUAUUAAGAAAAUUAAGUAUUCUCCUUUUCAGCUCUAAGUAAUAGUGUUAAGUAUGUGUUAAGUAAAGUAAGUUAAGUUUUGUUUAUAUUUGAGACCAUUAAAUGAGUUAUAUAUUUAUUUUUUUAUAUUUGAGAAAGGUGUUGAGUAGAAAUCCUUUUGGGGAUAGCUUGUAAAAUGACCAUCAAUAUUACUUGAAUUAAUAAAAAUUUCUCCUUCCCGAUUUUUUUUUAAAAAAGAGUGGUGUAUAAUAAUUAAACACUUGUUAUUAUAAGAAAAUAUAUAAUUGCAAAAAUUACACUUGUUUUAAAAGGGUUAAUUCAAAAUUUGACAGAAACGACAAACUUAUGCUCACAUCAAUAACAUAAGGGACCGGCAUAAAAAAAACAUGCAAUUAAACAAUAAUUUUAUUUCUAUCAUAACAAUUGUUGGCAAUAAAAGAAAUAAGAAUGAAGUCAAUGAAGGCUAACUCAACUGGUAAGUAGUUAACUUUUUUAACCUUGAGGUCUGUCCUAACUUGGUAAAUUAUUUGUUGGAAUCAUGAACCAUGGGGUGGAAGCAUGUUUAUGCACAUUUAGAAUGUACUCCUUCGUACUAAAAUAUAAGUAAAAUUUGAUCAACAAAAGUCAAUGUAUUUGAUUCAAAAUUUAUAUCAAAUACAUCAACAUAUGUUGACUCAUUUUUACUUAUAUUUUGAAAUGAAUGGAGUAUUAUGUUUCUGCCUAUGUAUCCAAGGAAGAACAACCUCAAAUUUUAGUAACCAUCCUUAAUCUCAACGAUAGUGCUUCCGAUGUAUAAAUGUAAACGAUUCAGUGAAUGCAUAGCUGGGUUCAAGGGAUUGUUCAAAGAUUUCAGGAGCUUUCUAGUUGCUCAUGAUAUGCUCUUGGGGGUUCUUAUAAUAUAAACCCAAUUUCCUGUUUUUCCUUUUCUUGUUUUACCUUUUUUAUCAUUUUUUUUUUCUUGAAUUUGAUUUAUAUCACCUCAGGUUUAUGUAUUUUAUUCUUUGGAUCUCGCUAACCAGUGCCCUUAGAGUAUUGGUUAAAGAAUCUACAAAUAGAAAUUUUGUCUUAAAAAUAUAAGAUGUUACUUUUGAUCAAGUAAUGAUUACAUAAUUUUUUCAUGAAAACUUGUUUGUUUUGAAUGGUUAACCAGUGCCCUCCUUUAGGGCACUGGUUACCAUUACGGAUAAAUUUUUCGCUUGAAAAAAAUAAAAAUAAAAUCAAUUUUUUCUCAUAAAUUAUCACCUUUAUCAUGUUUCAUAAUUCAUAGGCAUAUCCAAGCCUCAUCUUAUCUUUUGCACAUGAUAUGAUUCCCUCUUAUGAUUUGAUAUGUGACUAGGAAUAGGAUUAGGCAAAUGCUAUUAUAUAACUAUAAUAUAAUAUAUCUUUGUUUAAGGUUAUCCCUUUAUCAAUUAAUCACAAUCCUCCCAUGACAUUAUAAUUAAAAGACAUUGUUGUGUUAGUGGGUGAUAUUCUAUAAAUUAUUUCUUCCAUCAUGGGAAGGAUGAAGAAAGAUCCAUAAGCUUAUUCAUUUGCUUAAAAAAUUGAAUUCCACGAAAAAGAUCAAACAUAUAUUUUAUGACUAAAUUAUUACAUUGUUCAUUGUUUGCUUUGGCUAAGAUAUGGCACCCCCAAGCACAUCCUAACAACCACGUGUAUAGAUGCUGUAGGUGCGUUAUACAUUCAAGUUUGUCGUUUUUAUUUUGGAAACAUUUUUUUUAUGGAUAAUUACUUCAUUUAAGUUUUAUUUCUUGGAAGCUACAGAUGCAGCUUUUCAACCAUGAAUGAAUGCAUUCUUGUUGCAAAACUUCAACUGAAUGCUACAAUUUGUGAAGUAAAGUAGAUUUGUCAAUCAUAGAUCGACGGAGGGAAAAAGAUUUAUAUUUUGACAAAUGUUUCAUAUAAUAAAUUAAAGGUGGUGAAUGUUUCAUAAUAAAUUAAAGGUCGCUCUAACUUGUACUCGAUAAAGUUAAGGCAAUAGAGAGAAAGUAAAAACAUAAUAAUAAUAAUAUGAGAGAGAAAUUUGUCAAAAAAAAAUUGUCGAAAAAUAGUUGUACAAAUAUUAUUUCUCUUUUAAAAAUGUGCUAGCAAGGAGACCUUGUGUUUAAGGAGGGGCGGGAUAACAAUACCCCCAUCCCGUCUCGACAAGUAUAAGAAAAAAGUUGAAUCGAAACCCACAUUUAGUUAUAACGGAUUUCUCUGAAAAAAGUCUUCGGAUGUGUUAGGUCAUACAAGUUUUCAGAUGAGUACUUAGACUUUGAUAUGACUUUUUUUUAGGGAAGACUUUGAUGAUUGACCUCCUUAAAAAACCUAUUAAAUAAGAAUUUAAAUUAACCAACCUAUUUACUUCAAACACACCCUAAUAGGCAAUAAGUCAAGAAUCAAAAUUGUAGAAAAGGGAGAGGAAUUCAAGUUGCCAAAUUUUAAUUGAAAGCAUACGUGAUGCUAGAAGUAACAACAGCGAUAGCAAUUUGUUGUCAAGUAGAACAUGUCAAGAAUAAACGGAUAAAACUAUGAUUAUACUCUUUAUAUAAAUCGAUGAUGUAAUUCAAAAUCUUUUUUCUACAUAUAGAAACAUUCAAUCAAUUCAUAAUGUCUUUUUAUAAUUCUAUUUGAUACAUCAUCCAACACUAAAUGUGAAUGUAUCAUGAGAGUCUAACAUCUUAAGCUAAACGGUGUUUAUGACUUUAACUGAUGAUGUUAACUAAUGUCUUUGAAACAUUUAUUAACAAACUUCUUUUACACUUUUAAAAUAUCGACUACAUAUAUUUUAAAAUAUUUUUAUUAUAUUUGAUUCUUUAACAAGUUACACGAACAACUUCUUAACAUUUUUUUCUUUAAAAAAAAAUUUCACAUUUCUCAUUUUAUCAUAUUCAUUUUCCACAAUGGAUGACAUCAAAUGUGGGGGACAUGAAAACGUUGUAGGUAUAGACAACAACAAAAACAAUUAACAACAAUACAUUUUAAAAAUCAACAAUAAAACAAAACCUUCUUUUCCCCCACUUUAUCUUUGUAUAUGAUUUUUCUUUGAGAAUAUCGUCACAACCAUAAUUAGAUACAUAAAUAUAAUAACUAAAAAAAAUAUCACAGCUAACAUGGGGUGACUAAGAUCCAAAAUGAAUCAUGCUGGCUUUGAAAAUGAAAGCACAAAAGAGUGACAUCAAUCGAAUAAUUUAGUGUGCGGCGACACGAAGUUGCGUAUGUAAUUAUAACAAGAUAGGUUAGUGAGAGUGACAUGUAUUUUGAAGGAUUGAAUAUGGUUUGGUUUUUGGUUCAUGUUCAACUUACUUGUCUAAAAAGUUAAACUUAAUUUUUGCAUUUUAGGGGUUUAAAAGUAGAUAAUGGACCACCUUAUCUAUGCUUCAAUUGAAGAAAUGGUGAUAUUAUUGAAUCAAUAGGAAGGGACAAUUUAAAGAGAUGGAUGAUAAUGUGGCAAGAGAGUUUUAGCCAAAAAAAAAAAACGUGGCAAGAGAAUUGUUAGUUAUAGCACUCUUAUUUAUUUAUUGGGUCACACCAUUUUCCUUAAUUUUUUUUAUUGAGAAUAUGUUGAUUGGGUUUCAUAUACUAACCAUGAUCAGGAAUUUUUUUAGAAGUUUUAAUGUUGUGAAUUCAGAUCAAAAUUCACAUUAAUAUUUGCUCAUUUGGUUAAGUUUAAAUUUGACAUACAUUUAAUUCUUUAAAAAGAGAAACAAAAAAAAUUACAAGAAAUUAACAUCAACAAUGACGGUCAUAAUUUUUAUCCUUUGUCUGAAUCUCUUGAUGUGGUCAAAAGACUCAAUGAUUUAUUCUCUAGGUGUACACAAGUAUUUUCCAACCCUAAAAUCUAUUCCAAAAGAAACAAUAUUUAUGUAUCUUAAUUUGCUUGAUAAGGCCUACUUUGCCUCACUCCCACCUCAUUGUUAGAACUAAAAACUGGAGCCUUUUAUAUAUGGGUAUCACUCUGCUUGUCUAACACUUCAAGAAACAACUUUGCGGACAAUUGCCAAAAAAAUAAGCAAACAAAGUGAAACAAUCACUUUGUUUGUCUUCCACAUCAUGAAAUGGCCUUAUGAAAUAUGUAUUGUCAAGCAAGAAAACCGCAUUGUUUUUCUACUCUUUUGAGAAACAAGUGGCAUCAUCAACUUUCUUGAGAAGCAAAAAAAAAAAAAACUCAAAAUGCUAACAAAUGUACUUACAUUUAUCCAACAAUGAAAUUAUCACAUCAACAGAGAGAUUCAAAUUCAAGUCCUUGUAAAAUUCGGUUUGAAUUCAAUUAUCAAUUAUUCCAAACUAAAUUGACACUCUAUUUUAUCUACACACCUAUAUUAUUAUUAUUUUUAGGGUUAAUUAUUGAAAUUGACAUGUAAUAUAAACGAAGUCUCAAAAUGACGUUGUUAAAUAAAAAUCACAUAUUCUAACCCUGUAAUUCGAGAUUCUUAUUAUUUAUGAUCAUGUGAUAUACGUAAAGUCCAAAAAAGCAACCUAAAGAUUUAAUUUUUUCAUGAUUUUUUAGAGGCAUGUUAAGAAAGUUAAAAUAUGAACUGACAGAAAAAAUUAGAAAUUUUCGAUAAGCAACAACUUAAUUAUGAAUUUUUAAAGCGUCAAAAGCUCAAAAAACAAGAAUGAAAAUCUCAACCUAUAAAUCAAAUUGUGAGCUCACUAUUUGUAGAGGCAUCUAUAAAAAUACACAAAAAGGAUCUACAAAGUUUCAUAGCGUUUAGAAGAAGUUUCAAUUUAUUUUUGUUUUCCAACUAAAACGUGCAAAAUUGAAAUUUUGUUUCUAUUAAGCGACUCACAUGUCAAAUUUUAUUCCCUAAUUUUGUAGGCAUGGUCAGAACAUAAUGAAUUUUUUCAGUUUUUAAACGAGAGACAAAUUAAUUAUAAAUUGUUUAAGAAAUUCAUAAUUAUGGGGAAUAAAAUUCAUAAUUAAAGACAAAGUGGUCCUUUUAAGUUUCAAAAGUCUCAAACAAGUCCUUUUAGUUUUUGAAUCGUUUCAAACAAGUCCUAUUGUAGAUAGCAUAGUUGGUAAUUGCUUCCUUCAACUCAUCUUUGGUACCAAAUCUGGCUCCUAGCACCCACUUAAAAUUAGUCAUCUUUUUAGGCAUGACAAAUGGUGGAUAAUGCUCUUUGUUGCUAUCAUCUGAAUCAUCACCAUCAUCCUUUAAAAGGACUUGUUUGAAACGAUUCAAAAACUAAAAGGACUUGUUUGGGACUUUUGAAACUUAAAGGACUUGUUUGGAACUUUUGAAACUUAAAGGACCACUUUGGAAAAAACGAAAAACUUAAAUGACUUUUAGAUGCAUUUGACCUAAAUUGUCAUUCCUAGAAACGGAAAAUAACUUUUGUUCCUGAAACAGUAAUUAACGUUUUCUCUAUAUUUCAAUCUAAAUAAGUGAUUUUCACAUAGAUCUAGGUUUUUUCUUUAUGAUUUCAUCAUCUAAGUGUGGUGGUUUGUUGUUCGUCGUCUUGUGCGGCGCUGUUUGAUUUUCCGUCUUCUUGCGGUGUUUAUUUGAUUCAUAUUGAAGAUUGAUUAUUCAAUCAAAGAUUUGGGCGUCAACGUUGCAGAUCUGGAGGCCAUGGAUAUUCCGGCCACUUUAAUUUUAUCAUAUAUUUUUGUAGGCAUUAUGCUGUUAUAUAUGCUAUUAACUUGGAUGUUGUGAGUAUGUUCGCAGAUUCAUUCUUUACGUUUUUAGCGGUGUUGAAUGAUAUAGUCUCUCGAUUUAAAUAAAUGAAUAUCAUUUUGUUUUUGUCAAACAAUAAAAAAAACUAUCAUUAAUCAACCAAACAAUAAUUAAUUACUGCUAGAGCUAUUUUCGAACGUUCAAGGUGCAUAUGAACAAUUCAUAGGUGCUAAAGAGCAAUUUUCGGAAAACAAAGUGUAUUCAACGGACAAUGAACAAGUGGGUCUUAAUACAACCAUGUGAAGAAUUUAUUCCACACCCCUAUAUUUUGCUUGGAAAAAAAUAACUUUGUUGAAUAUAAAUGAUAUAAAAAAUUCCUGAUAAAUAUGAGAUUAUACAGUUUUACUGGUAAAUAUGAGUUAUUAUAUACACCUCUUAUAAAUAAAGGGAUACUCCCUCCAUCCCCAAUUAUUGGAAGAAAAAAAAAACUCUUUGUUUGUCUCAAAAUAUAAGCAAAACAACAAGUGUGACAAAUUAAAAGUAUGGUGCACAAAUUAAAAGUAUGGGCGUCAACAUUGCAGAUCUGGAUGCCAUGGAUAUUCUGGUCACUUUAAUUUUAUCAUAUAUUUUUGUAGGCAUUAUGCCGUUAUAUGCUAUUAACUUGGAUGUUCUGAGUAUGUUCGCAGAUUCAUCCUUUACGUUUUUAGCGGUGUUGAAUGAUUUAAUAUCUCGAUUUAAAUGAAUGAAUAUCAUUUUAUUUUUGUCAAAAAAAACUAUCAUUAAUCAACCAAACGAUAAUUAAUUACUGCUAGAGGUAUUUUCGGAAGUUCAAGGUGCAUAUGAACAAUUCAUAGGUGCCUAAAGAAUUUAUUCCACACCCCUAUAUUUAGCCUUCUACUCCUACUAGUUUGAGACAGGGCAUAUUUUGCUUGGAAAAAAAUAACUUUGUUGAAUCUAAAUGAUAUAAAAAAUUCCUGAUAAAUAUGAGAUUAUACAAUUUUACUGGUAAAUAUGAGUUAUUAUAUACACCUCUUAUAAAUAAAGGGCUACUCCCUCCAUCCCAAAUUAUUGGAAAAAAAAGCUUUUUAUUUGUCUCAAAAUAUAAGCAAAACAACAGGUGUGACAAAUUAAAAAUAUGGUGCACAAAUGAUUUUAGUCUUUAGAUUUAUUUUUCUUCACAAUAAUACCAUGUACCCAUCACACCCCUACUAAAUUCUAAUGCUUCACCCCAACUCUCGCAUACUUUUCACUAUUAGACCCUUAAAUUCAAAGUUAGUACCGGUCUGUUUAGUUAACCCAAAAAAAGAGUUUUUAGCUUUUAGCUUAUAGCUUAUAAGCUCGUUUGACAAAAAAAGCUCUGUUUGGUAACACUUUUUCACCAUGAGCUUAUAGCUUAUUUCACGAGCUUAUAAGCUAUUUUUCAGAAGCUAUUCCAAGUAGCGUUUGAGCUUAUAGCUUAUAGCUUCUCACUUUUUCUUCCAAUUUUACCCUUAUUAUUUCAUUUAAAUUGUAUUUUUAUCCAUUAUAAUUUUUAUAAUAAACUACGUAAUAAAGACUACUAUCCCGUUAUUCCAAUUUUUGUAUAUAUAUCAGCUGACCUUUUUUUUUUUUUUUUGAAAAAAUAUAUACCUUUGUUUUUUUUUUACGAAACAAAAUACUAUUAUUCUAUUAGUGUUACUUUUUUUUUUUUUGAGGUAAGUGUUAUUUUCUUUAUUCUCUGUUAUUAGUAUUACUCUAUUAGUGCUACCUUUUUUUUUUUGUUUUUGAGGUAAAUGUUAUUUUUUUUAUAAAGUGGAAACACUUAAAUGAUAAUAAAUAUAAAAUAAAAUUUUAGUGAAUAAAAUUUAAUUUAAUUUAUAAUACAUAGGAUAUAUUAAAUUAAUAAAUUUAAAGUAUUUUUUUAAAGAAAAAUUAGUUUACAAAAUUACAAAUACUUAAAUUAAUGAUAUAAUUUUUAUUAUGAAUUAAGAAUACCCUUUAUGUCAUUUUACAUUUAUCAGCUAGUUGAACCGCUAUUUUUACCAAACAGAGCCUACAUACACAACACCUAACAUGUUUCUCAUCUCCUUAAAUUCUUCAACCUUAAGUGGUUUUGUUAAUAUAUAAGCUUGUUUGAGUUUUGUUAAUAUAUAAUACUUAGUUUCAUUGUGUUUCUUGGACCACACGCAACUGGAUUUUUGGCUAAGAAAAUUGCAUUAGUUGUUUAUCACCGCCAAAAAAUUGCGUGUUUUGAGAAAUUUGAGGACACAAAUAUGAGUUUGAGAACCCUAUCACUUAACUUUCACACUGCUUCUUAUCAUCAUGAAUUAACAAACCAAAAUAUGAAGUACCUUUUAGAUAUUUCAAAAUUCUUUAUGCAUCAAUCGUAUGUGAUUGAUUUGGAUUCAAACUCUAAUUCAUUAUCUCCUUAAUUAAGUAUCACAUUCAUCAAGAAUUAACGUGAGCUUUCUUAACAAAAUUCAUUUUAACACUCUCACUUUUAUUCGAUAAACAACAAGGUCAUAUUACUUUGGAGACGAAUCCUUUAUAAAGUGGUAGGAUCCAUACGUAUUUUGUUUUAAUAAGAGAGUGAAUGUUAAAAGGUACGUUAAAAUGAGUGUUGUUAGCGUAUUUUACGAAGUAAUGUUUUGUUAAAUAUAAAAGAUGAAAAUAACAAGUGGAGUCAGAUAAUUUAGUUUUCUCUUAAAUCAAGACCACAUAAAUUGCCCUUCUCAAAUAAAGAGUAAAUUAUUUUUUGUUGUUGUUGUUGUUGAUAUAGAGAGUGAACCUCUUUCAAUAAUGGAAAUUUCUCUUUAGAUAAUUGUUCUAAGACACUUUGAUCAAACAAAAAAUGAUAUUUGUACAACUACUUUAUUAUAAUUUUUUAACAAUUUAUUAUCUCGGACUUAUAUUAUAUUAUUAUUCUCUCUCUUUAUUUUUUUCUCUCUAUUGUUUUGGACAAAUGAGAAGAGAGGAAAUGAAAGUUGUCAUCAAAGUUGUUACAUAUGGUUGUACAUAUAUCACUACUCUUAAUCAAAAUAUUUCCAAUGAUAUUAAAUUUUUGUAUAUAUUUUUUUCUUUGUUUUUGUAUUGGUAACUUAUAUGUGAUAAUAAUUCUCUUGUAGCAGAAAACAGAAAAAGAGACAAAAAAUAAAAAGCAGAAGCUUGCUACAAAACAACUCCCAAACACAUAAGGGAAUUAAACCACCACUUAUGUUAGUUUAAAGAAAAGUUAAUGUGAUUCGUUUUCAACCACAAAAAAGAUUAAAGUUUAUUUUUUUUUUAGAAGAUGUUGAACCGCAUUCCCCUUUUGUUGGCGAAUCUGAACAUUUCUUUCCCGCCAAAUGACCCAGACAUAUGAAAAUCAAAUUAGAUGAAGAACUAAACAGAUUCUUUUAAAGACCGCCUAGUAAUCCAAAUUGAAGAAGAUGACUUUAACAUGUUCCAGAUAUUUCUAACAACAUAAAAAUUGAAAAUCUAUUUUCUUCAAACAUAAGGAGGUAAGAUAUAAACUAGUUAAAAAUCUUUUUUUUAGAUAAUAAAUAAACACAAAUAGCUUCAGAUUUUUUUUCUUUCAAAAUCUCUAAAAAUAAUCUCCAGAUUUCUAACACAAAAUCUAUUUUUUUUCUUAAAGUAAAACAAACAUACCCUAAAUUUUUUCAUGCUUCAGCCACGUCAAGAAAGAGGUAAACCGCAUUAAUUUUUUGGAUAAUGAUGAAGGGGUACGAAUUGCUGAUGAACAAGGCAUGAGUCAGGUUGCAAAAGAAUAUUUUGAGACUUUAUUUUUAGAGAGCAAUAGUACUCGUGCACCGGUUGGUAAUAUAAUAGAAAAAGUUGUGUCUGAUGAUGAUAAUAUUAUGCUAACCGCUCCCUUUCAGGCUGAAGAAUUUAAGGACGCUAUGUUUUCUAUGCAUCCAGAUAAGUGUCCUGGUCCGGAUGGUUUUAAUCCGGGAUUUUUUCAACAAUUUUGGUCUGUCUGUAAUUCUGACAUUUUUCAGGAAUGUUGUGCGUGGCUCAAACAUUGCAUUAAUCCCUAAAGGUAAUGAGCAAAGAACCAUGAAGGAUUGGAGGCCGAUUGCUUUAUGUAAUGUGUUGUACAAAUUAGUGGCAAAAGUACUUGCUAACCGACUCAAAAAAAUCUUACACGAAUGUAUCUCUGAGAGUCAGUCAGCUUUUGUACCAGAGCGCUCUAUUCUUGAUAACGUCGUGAUUGCUAUUGAGGUGGUCCAUCAUAUGAAAGUUGGUAAGAGAGUUUGAGAUAAAAAUGUUGCACUUAAAUUAGAUAUUAGUAAGGUGUAUGAUAGAAUUGAUUGGCUUUAUCUCAAGGAAGUGAUGCUUAAAAUGGGUUUUGACAGUAAAUGGGUACAAUGGAUUAUGAUGUGUGUUGAAACUGUUGAUUACUCUGUCAUCGUUAACAAUGAGUUGGUAGGUCCGAUUAUACCGGGUAGAGGUUUGAGACAGGGUGACCCGUUGUCGCCUUAUUUAUUUAUUUUGUGUGCUGAAGGCUUAUCCCCUCUUAUUCGGAAAGCAGAACGAACUGGAGACCUCCAUGGCGUGUCUAUAUGUACUAAUGCACCUACCAUUUCUCACCUAUUGUUUGCAGAUGAUUGCUUUUUGUUUUUCAGGGGUGAUGAUAAUGAGGCACAAGUGAUGAAGAAUAUUCUCCAUACUUAUGAACUUGCUUCGGGGCAGGCCAUUAGUCUUCCAAAGUCUGAGGUUUUCUUCAGUACUGUUAUUCCAUUGCCUUUGAAGGAAACUAUUACUAAUAUAUUAGGUGUCCGAGCGGUGAUGGGCACGGAAAAAUAUCUUGGCCUUCCGUCUAUGGUGGGCAGAAGUAAAGAGGCGACUUUUGGUUUUAUCAAGGACCGUAUUUGGCACAAAAUUAACAGUUGGAGUAGUAAGUGUUUGUCCAAAGCUGGUCGAGAGGUAAUGAUCAAAUCGGUACUACAAUCAAUCCCAUCUUAUAUUAUGAGCAUUUUUUUACUUCCAAAUAAGCUUGUUGAUGCAAUAGAAAAAUUGAUUAAUGCUUUCUGGUGGGGCCAUGGCGGUAAUAUGCGUCGUGGAUUACAUUGGAUGUCCUGGGAAAGAUUGUCUGUUCAUAAAUUUUUUGGAGGCAUGAGCUUUAAGGAUUUGACCUCUUUUAAUGUGGCUAUGUUAGGGAAACAGGGAUGGAGGUUCCAAACAGAGUCUAGCAGUCUUGUUUGUCGAUUAUUUAAGGCUAGAUACUUUCCUAAUUCUGAUUUUAUUGGGUCCAAAAUUGGGCAUAACCCAAGCUAUGUUUGGCGAAGCAUUUUUAGUGCAAAAAUUGUGGUGAAACAGGGUGCACGAUUGCGGAUCGGUUCAGGGGUCAACAUACCUUUCUUGGGAGCCCUUUGGCUCAAUGAUGGUUUGUCUUUAUCCACAACUAAUCCUAUUUUUGAGCCUUUGAUGCAGGUGAAAUUAUGUGACUUUAUCGAGCAAGAUGUUAAAAUGUGGAAGGCGCCUCUUAUUCACAGUUUGUUUGAUGCGCAAACUGCGGAGCUCAUUCUCAAUACACCAUUGCAGCCACUUGUAUUGGAGGACAAAAUGAUUUGGAAAUGGGAGAAGAGUGGUACGUAUUCUGUCAAGAGUGCUUAUAGAAUUUGUGUUACUGAAAUUGCAGACAAUUCGCAUAUGCAUGUCAAUGGCCGGUGGAACCUUACUUGGAAACUAAAAGUGCCUCCUAAAAUCAAAAUUUUUCUUUGGCGUGUGUGUCGUGGUUGUUUUCCAACACGUGCUCGCUUAAAUAGUAGAGGAGUCUCUUGCCCACUUGAUUGUGUUCAUUGUAAUCAUAAUUAUGAAGAUAAUAUUCAUAUCCUUAUUGAGUGUCCUAAAGUUGUUCAAGUUUGGCGGAAUGCGAAUUUAUGGGACACAAUUGGCAGGGUGAUCCAUCAAGACUAUAAUAUUAGUGCUCUCAUUUUCACCCUUUUACAAAAUCUAUCUUCAGGGAAAUGUGAGCUGAUGACAACAAUUAUAUGGAGCCUUUGGAAAUGUAGAAACAUGAAGCUUUGGCAGCAACAACUUGAGACAGAUUCGCAGGUGCUUCAACGUGCAAUUCAUGUACUUGACGAAUGGCAAACAACCCAAAGAAUUAGAUCAAGCAGCAGUAACCAAACCAUAACUCCACAGGUUCGGUCUUUGAGACAAGAGGAUGCAUCCUUUUCUACUUCUCUUAACAGGGUUGGGUUGGGCAUGUGUCUUAGGGAUGAUGAUGGCGCUUUUGUACUUGCAAGAACAGAAUGGUUUGCCCCUAUUUGUGAUAUAGAUGUGGGGGAAGCUGUUGGACUACACACGGCUUUGGAUUGGCUCUCUAAUCAAAAAUUUGAUAAUGUAGAUUUUGUGCUGGAUUGUAAAAAGGUUGUUGAUUGUGUCAAUUCUAGUCUAGAAGAUAGUAGCGAGUUUGGAUGUAUUAUCACUGCUUGUAAACAGCUGCUAGUUGAUAGUUUUCAGAACUCUCAUGUUGAGUUCAGCCGGAGGCAAGCAAAUAGGGUAGCUCACGAGUUAGCUCAGGCAGCCCUAUCUAAUCCUAGCCCCCAUGUGAUUGAUGAUAUACCUACAUGUAUUUGGCAUAUUUUAUCUAAUGAAGUGCAAUGAUUUCCUUUCCUAAAAAAAAAAUGAAGAAUGGAGGGAGUAGUUUUGUCAUUGAAUAAUUAUGUGAACAAGACUCACGCAUUAGCCAAAAUAAUAUAUUAGAUGAGAACAAUUUUUUUGCACAUGAGAUAAUAAUAGUUUGGCUGUGUGAGAAAGAAAGAAAUACCGAGAGAAUAUAUAAAUGUUUAAGAAAUAAAAUAGGUUUUUUAUAAAAAAAAAAAGAAAUAAAAUAGGUUUGAUGUAUCGAUUGGUAUCCUAGAAGUAGAGGAAAGAUGAAGAAAGAAUUAAGAAGUGUCGAUAGUUUUUUAAAAUAUGAUAAUGCCCCUAAAUUAAAAAAGUUCUUCUACUUAAGCUAAUUUAAACUUUUUUUAAUUUAAUUAAUUAACCUUUCUUUUUUACAAUAAUUAAGUACUCCAUAAUUUCAGUGAUUACAUUAAUAUAACUAUUUAUUGAUUCAAAGUAUGUCAAAUAAUUCUAUAGAUUUUGGUUUGUUUAGUGUGAGAUACGAUUGACUUAAUUUCAAAGCACUCCAAUUUAUAGAAUUAUUGAGAAAUGUAAGUACUCUCAACUGUGCAUAAAUUAAUCAUCGGAUUAUUUAUUUUUCCUUCAAAAAUUCUCAAUUAACAAAAUUACUAUCAAUUUUUAUUGCAGCAUACAUAUACUUUAAAUGAAGAAAAAACAAUGUAAUAGUUGAAACUCAUGAAACCAAAAACAAUGUAAUAAUGAAAACUCUUGAAACCAAAAUUGUGAAAGUAUCUUUUUCAUAUUUGAAUUCACUGCAAAUUACGUGCAAGGCUAGCAGGUAUAAGAAAAGCAAACAAAUUCGUGCAAAUUGUGAAAUUACAGACCCAAAAGUGUUAUAAUUUUUUUUUGGUUGGUGAAAGAAAGAUAAAAAGUGCAAGUGGUAUAAUUCUUAAAUCAACUUAGUUAACUUAGUCAAUUCAUUAACACAAAAAGAAAAAUUAGUCCACUAUUUAAUUGUGAGAUUAUUAACAAUUGAGAAAAUAAAUUGAGAGGACUAAUUCAUGCCCGUCCAUUCAACGAAUAAAUUUUAAUCACUUACAUCAAUUUUUUAAUUGUGAGAUUAUUAAUCACUAUUGAAUGAAAAUACUCAUUCUAAAAUAAAUAUAAACAAAAGUGGUAGUUGUUUUUUGAAAAGUGGUAGUUGUUACCAUUCUCACUAUUUUAAUCACAUACAUCAAUUUUUUAAUUACCUUUUAUUUAUAUUGCAUUCCAAAGGGAGUAGGUAAGAUCAAUUAUUAAUAUGAAAAUUGAGAAUAAAUAAAUUUAAUGGUAAAAUUGAUAACAAUUGAAAGACCUUAGAGAAAAUAAAUUUAGAGGAUAAUUAUCAUCGAUUCAUUGUUUAAAAAAUAGUCUCGCAUUCAGUAAAAUGGUAUCAAAAGGAAAGUAAAUUAUGGACGUGGUUAUUUGUCAAUAUCAAGAAAAGAUGAAUGGAACCCACUUAUUGUAACUCUCUGCCUGCCUCUGGUACUCAUUUCAGUCUCAAUUAUUAGUAAUUUUCAUUUUUUAAAUUCAUUGUAUAAAUAAUAUAUGUGACCAUAAUAUAGAUCAUAUAUAUCAUUUAUUCAAUAUACUUAAAAAAAUGAAAAAUUGUCUGCUUGUCACAUUAACCAAAGUUUUACUAAUUUCUUAGAUCUAUGAAUAAGUUCUACAUUACUCUUUAUCAUCACUCACUUUGUUCCUCUCAAUCACCAUCCAAGACAAUAGUUUGUCUCAGUCAUGAAUUCUCAAAGAAAUGUUAGAUUGAUUACAUUAUCAAAAUAAAAGUGAGAAGUAGUACUAGCAAAUACAGAUGUGUAAACAAUAAGUCUCAAUAUAUUUUUCUUGCAAAUUAUUUUGUUUCCUUGGGCCCUUAUUAGGGUUUUGACCUAGCCACACAAAACCCAUCAAUCUCUCAUACAAUAAAUCUAAACCCUCCAAUCACUCAUCUACUAGCCGUCCGAUCAACCAUCUUUCAUUAUAUAACCAACCAUACAACUAUCUCAUUCACCAUCCGCCGUUACCAUCCACUUCUAUUCCUCUUGGCCCCUUUUCUAAAAUUAGGGUUUCUCAAUUAUUAGGGUUUUUCAAUUUUCUUAAUUUUUUUGUUCAAUUUUUGAAUUAGGCUUCACUAUCUGGUCGAUGUGGAUCAAUUCAAUUCCCAUUCAGACUCGUUCCCUUGAAGCAAUAUUAAUAUGUGUUGUUCCUUCAUUUCACUUCCAAAACCCCCUUUUUUGGUUUUGGGAGCAUGAAAGAACAACUAAAUUUUAAAAAAAAUCGUAUUUUUAUCAAUGGGUUUUCGUUUUUGAUUAAUUUGAGCAAAUGGGUUUUGCUAGUUAACUGUGAUGAGUCUUUAACAGACCUGUAAUGAAUUGCGGGUAUGAUCGCAUUUUUAUUGAACAUCUAAGGGACUGAGUUAACUAGUUAAUCUCCCAUUUUCUUAUUAAUUUUUGUUUUUAUUUUUUGUUAUAAUCCAUUUAGUGGCUUCAGAUUUUGAUUUUAAUUAUGCUUGCACCUAAUUUAUUGUGUUUGCAAUGUUCUAUGAAGCCUAUAAUUGUGUUCCCCUCGCUAUCCACUACUGCAAAUCUAAUGCUGUAUAUGGACGUCGGGGAACAAAAUUUCAAUUUUUUUUUACCAUGUGAUUAAAUGGUUUAAGCCGUUUUGAAUUAUUGCUUCUAGAUCUAUGUUUGUUUGUUAAUUUGAUUUGAAUUGUAGAUAAGGAUGAAGCAAUAUAUAUAAUCCAACACUUGAUCUGAUUUUGUGAUGCCAAAUAUAUUUAUUAUGUUUCUGAAUCUACAUUUUGGGCUAUAAUCGUAAUGUUUUGCUUGUAGGUUAAUUUAAUUUAUAUUUUGUAAAUAUUUGAGGAGUCUUAAUUUGCACUAUCAUGUGAUGAGUUUGGAAUAAAUCUUAGGACACCUUCCUACACAACAUAUGUUGUGGAUGAGAUGAAUUAUCCUUUCUGAUGAUGUUUACAAAUUUCUCAUUACUCUGUCACUAAGUUAUUUUCUAGCUACAUUUUAAUUUUUUAUGUGUUUGGCCUUCAUAAUCCCAGUUAAGAUUGAAUUUUUUUCAAGUGAUUACACUGAUUCAUGGAAGGCCAACAAUAAGUGUUGGAAGUUUCGCUGAUAAAUGCCUUUAAUUGAUUUUACAUCAGGGUGUUUACUAGUAACUUUACCGCACACUCAUUUCUAACUUUACCGCACACUCAUUUGGAAUAAAUCUUAGAUCAAAUACCCAGUUAGUAUUAGUGUGACUUAAUAUACGAUUGUUUUAUGGGUUUAUGAUGCAACUGGAAUUAGUCGGAAUUGUGACUGGAAUGAAAAGGUUAAUGUUAACAAAUAUGCGGCUGAUCUUGACCACUGUAUCUGGAUUCACUCUUUAAUUUCCUAGUACGGAGCAUUGGUUAAUUAAACAGUCUCAAGUUCAAGUACAUUUCAGUAUGGUUUCAAUGACGAAAAACUAGCAUGAUAUAAAAACCCUAAAACAAAUUCAAGUUAACCAACAAAUGCAAGACAAUACUAGAAAGAAGAAACUAGCAUUGCGAAAAACUUAGUGUGAAACAAGCUUAAGGCAGUAGAUGGUACUAGUUUAAAUUCAAGCAACAAUUACUAUCAUCUUACAAUACUAGAAACUGGCAUUGCUAGUUAUCAAGAGACAAGAGCAUCCACAAUGGGGCAUAUUUUUUGGUAUGGUGCACAAAUAGCAAAAUCACCAUUGAUUUAAUAUUUAAAAAUUCAACGGUCAGGAUUGCACACCUGGUAAUUGACUAGCAGGUAUUUCGUAAUAGUAUUCGAAAUUGCAGAAAUAUCCUAUGAAUUUAUGUAAUUAAAAUUAUAAAUUGUAGAAAUAAACCUUGAAAUUAAUGUAAUUAAAUUUGUAAUUUGAAAUUAAUAUAAUUAAUUAUUUCUGUUAAUAAAAAAAAAUUAUAUUUUUAAAUAAUCAAAGAAAAGUAUUUUAUAUUAGGCCUUUUUUUUUUCCCUUGUUAAAAAAAAUAUAUAAUUGUUGUUUUAUAAACAGAAUAAUGAAUAAUUUAUGGAUUUUUUUUUUAAAGACGAAGUCAUUAUUUAUUUAUUCCCCUUAAUUAUUCAUCUCUUCAAACAAAUAUUUGAGUUUUAAUAAGGUUUUAAUAAGCGAUGAACGAUGAAGAUGGUGACCGAUGAAAUGUGCGGUGAAUGCAGGUGUGCCAUCAUCGGCGUUUUGAGAUGGACGAUGACGAAGAUUAGGUUAUUUGAGUGGGUAUUCCGAACCGUUUUGAGGGCAAUAAGAUUGGGCUUUUUAGGUGGACCGGGCAAAAAUUAAUGGGUGACGGCCCAAAUAGAAGGUUCUGUUAAGGGUUGUUUUGAAUCUUAGCAUUGGUCGACGGCUGUGAAGAAAUUUGUAGGUUUGAAUUUUGAAAAUCUCUUCAUCGGCAGUGUCUUGUUGUAGCAGGUAACUUCAAUGUUUGAGUUAUAUUAUAAUCAUGUUAUUUACUAGAUGUUGUUGUUACUGCAGCGAUAUAAUUGAUCCGGAGUUGGAAGAAUUGAUGCCCAAUUUUGACUCACCUGCGGACGAAAAUCCAAGUGAAGAAGAAGUUGAUGGCCCAGUAUUUGCACAAUUACAAAAUUUUCAAAACGGUGAUCAUAUUUGGAUGUUGUUGGGAGUUUUUCUGGAUGGUUUUAAUUUUAUUUUUGCUGGAUUAUUUGCAUAUGGGCGCCUCUAUGGUUGGAAAGUAGUCAUUGUAUUUGUUUUGUAUGUGUAGGAUAAUUGAAAGUUGGAAUUGUUGUUGAUGAAAUGGACAAGAAUAUGAAUAUGAAGUUGUUGAUAAAGGAUAUUGGUUAGAGAAAUACGUUUCAAGUGGAUGGGUUGAGUUUGUUAGGGCAAAAGAACUCAAACAUGGAGAUUCGUUGAUCUUCAACAUUGAUAAUCUUCGACAACAAAUUAUUUGUAAAAGUCAUUAGGUGUGAUAGUUAGGUUGUACAAAUUAUUAUUAUGUUGCCAAUUUGGUUUGAUAUGCGAACACCAGUUUGAUUGCAACUAAACCGAUAACUACAUUGUACCCAGUUUAAAAACCUUAAAAAGCCACCAAUUAAUUGUUAAAGUCGCGACCACCGUAGUGGUGAAGUCAAGGGUACCACCGUAGUGGUGAAGUCGUGGUGAAGUCAAGGCUGGAAUAUAUCCAAACCGAAAAUAAGUUUCAACAUCCAAAAACAUAAUAAGGGCAUUAGAUGAUUACAUUUCAUAAAACAUAAUAACUAAUAUUUGGCUUCUUACUCCUUCAUCAUGCUCUUACUGGUGACGGAUAUGUCGAACAUACAUUUUUUUAGGCGGGUCCUCCAGUUGGAAUAACAAUUUGUCAUUCACCUUUAAACCACGGUCAACAACAAAUUGAAACCAUCCACCACCUAAACUCUUCUCAUGGUUCUUUCUUGGGGCUGUCCUAACCCAACAUUGAUAGGUCUUGCGUGUUUCCACAUCCUCCAUCGGCAUUCUCAAAUAUCUUUUUUUCAACACCUUUCUUGAUACUGAAUUUGGAAAAUGCUACAUGUACGAAGGAAACAAAAAAUUAACUUAUAUCAUCAUAGGGUUCAACUACCGAUGGUAGACAACAACAAAAAAAGAUACUUAGGUAUUUGUUUGUUUCACAUUAUUCAUGAAAUGAGUAAACCAUAAACCAUGAUUGGUAAAACAAAUGAAGAUAGAGAAAUAACAUAUAAUUGGAAAAAUAUUAUGAAGUUGACAUACCAGCACUUGAAGCUUUUUAAUGGAAGCCAAUGCUUUUGUGACAGUCUUCUCAAAGUGAUAGAAAUUAAGGUUUUCAGGUUCUUCUUCCUCAUGUUCUGCCUCCUCUUCCUCUUCAGUUUCGUCUUCCUCUACAGUUUCAUCUUCGUCUUCGUCUUCCUCUUCCUCCAUUUCGUUGUCAGAUACAAUCUGAAUUGGCUCCUCUUUAACACGUGUCGGGAAUACAUUUGGAACUAGGAUGUUUCCUAGUGGAGUCAAUCUAAAGAAGUUCUUUGCACCGUCAUAGUCUAGCCUAACUCUUGUUGGAACUUCGCAACCAAAUACCUUAGCAACCCUAACUCCCGGAGUCAUAUACACACCUACGUCAUCUUUUCCAAAAUGUGUUGUAAUGGUUAUCUCUUCAUCAUUUCUUAACAUUCCAGGAGCUUUUAGAUUGAAUUCUUUCUUAUUGUCCUUGUAGUACUGCUUUGGAAUACGUAUCCUCCCCUAAAUAAAAAAAAUAUUGUUAAGUGUGAAUCCGUGAAAAAUUAAUGUAUGUAAGGAUCGAGGUUUUUUUUACCUGUUCAGGCCAGAUGAUGGUCUCCAGAAUGUCACCUCUUAUACCUUCCUUCGACAUCCAUCUACAAUACAACAUAUGCAGAAGAAUUUAAUUUCAAAUUGUCACAAAAAUAGUACGUAAUGGAUAAAGUCGGAGUACAAAUACAACAAAUAUAUAUACACUUAGAAAGAUGAAAUUGUCAGAAACAAUGUUCAAAAUAAAUUAAAAUUGAGGCAGUCCAAAAGUGAAAGUAUGCAAGGAGACAAUUUAAAAUAUAAAAACGAGAAAAACAUCAGAAAAAUAUGCAUUGGACUUGGAUUUUUCACUAUUUGAAGGGGUGUAAAAAGAAGUUAUGGGCUUGUUUAAUAAAAGAAAAGAAACGGGUUGAUUGUAGCCCAAUAAUUCUUCCUCUCUAACCUAGAGAGUGAAAUGCAUAGUAGAGAAAGAAAAAAACCAGAACUUCAAAAAUGACCAUUUAAAAAAAACAGGCAAAAUUGGUAAAUAACAGAGGGAGAAUAAUAUGUUAGAGAACUGAUGAUGUGCAGUAAUGAAGAAGAAAUAUGUUUAUGUGUAGGAAAUUGGUGUAUAACUUAUGGGUAAUUUGGUAAAUAUAGAUGUCACUGAAAAGUUGAAGCUGCGUUUGCUUUGACGCAGAAGCUUGAACUUGUGGCUUCAAUCAAACCUGCGUUUGGACACUUCAUCAUGUUCUGCACAAUGACGUUUUCUUCUAUCCAAACACCACAGAAAAAACAAGACUCACGUUUAUAGAAGAAAACGCAGGUUUGGAACUUGUGGCUUCAAUCAAACCCGCGUUCGAAUCGAUCGAUCCUUUUUAUGUUUGUUUGAUAAAUCGGUUUUGAUAUUACAGAACUUGAGCGUUUUUGAUGCAAAUAAACUCUAAUGCCAUAAUAACCAUGAUAGUUGUGGAAUAGUUUACCUUGAUGUGUCGCCUUCCAUGAUGAUGGUGAAGUGGAUGAAGUGGUCCCGAAAGGUUUGUCUGCUUCUGAGAAAGGGGUUUGGUGGUAUGACAAUUGUGAAAGUGAUUGUUUGUGAGGAUAAAUGUCCUUAACAUAACAGCCACAUAAUUGAUUUCCAUUUUCCUUUUAAUUUUCCUCCAAAUAUUGACGUUACAACUCUCAAUAUUUGUGACAUUAUUUAUUUUUAAAAAAAUAUUGAUUUCCUUCUGAAAUUUUGAACUUCCAAACAAGAGAUCUACGAACAAGAUUGGAGGUUGGAGAUAACUAAUAAUAUUUGAGGUUAGAGAAGAAAAACAAAACAAGGAUGUAUGUGGUGUUUGAUGAACUUGGUAGGUAGAUCUUUGGAUCCGAAACAAGAUGAACUUUUUUUUUUUUUUGACGAAUAAACAAGAUGAACUUGGUAAUUGUUUCUUCAGAUCCAAAUUAUUUUGUAAUAUAAUCGGCUUUCCUUCAUUUAAUAUGCACACCUUUUUAAUAAAAACCAAUACAAAAACAUUUAUUAUUUCGGGGGCCAAAUGUGUAAUUGUCGAAAAUAUUGUGCUGUGUCUGAAAUAACAUUUAACACAAAAAUGGGGGUCAAUGUCAAAAAGUAUAUAAAACCUGCAAAACCGGCUAUCAUAUGUAUUUCCAAUUAUUUUCAUUUUUGUGCACCAUACCAAAAAAUAUGCCCUUGGGCAGGCUAGAUGCUACCCCACAAUGGUAGUUGCUUAAUGGAGAAUCCUUAAAUGGACUCUAUGUUAAUAAAAGUAAGGACUCAAUGAUUCCAAUGGAAAUAUACUAAUAUAGACUCCAAUGAAAAAUAUUUAAUCAGGUCUCACUAACUUUACAUCAUUAAACAAAAAUAAUUUAUUUAUUAAACCUCAUUUAUUUAUUGGUAUAAACUUAAAUUUCAGCCACAUAACAUUACAACUUUUACAUUCUUUCGUUAAAUAAUAAUAAUAACAACUAGUAUAGUGACCCGUGCCAGCACGGGGAAAUAAAAAACUUUUUUGAUCAUAAUUGUGGUUAUAAUUUAAAUUUGAUAAGAAAAAAACAUCAUCUUAAUUUUGUAUAUAUUUUGAAAUAUCUAAACAUUGCAUAUAACGAUAAAAGUAUUUGGAUUAUUAUACUUGUACUAAUUAUUUGUCGCAUAAGAUGCACUCAUUGUUAAACUUAGCAUAUGUAAUAUUUUUGCAAAAAUACGCCGAUGUACUGUAUAAUAAUAUUUGUUGACAAAAUGUAUUUUAUUAAUCAUAAAAACUAAAAAAUGUGUAUUUUUUUUAUAUAAUAGUUAGUGUCACAUGCAUACACGUAGUCGGUAAAUGCAAACGUUUGUUAUUUGUUUUUAAUUUUUACAAAACAAAUGGUCUAAUGUAAAUAUUGUAUUUUAGGAUAACAACGAUGUAAAAAAAAAAGAAUCCGCGACAAAGAAAUUGCAUGUCUAUAAUGAAAAGUACGCCUUACAAAGAAAUUAAAAAUAAAACGACUUCCAAACAAUAGGCAACUUUAGAUUUCUAAAUUAUAACAACAAGAAUUCUAAAACAUAACAAAUGAUCAUACUUUUUGAAAAACUUCAUGAUAUACAACAUUUGUGGUCUCCUUGUCUCCUUACAAACAUUAUUAUCCCUGGCUUAGGAAGAUAAACCCCCACUCGAGAUAAAGAUUGACCCUGGCUUUUAUUUAUUGUUACAAAACAAAGCGUCAAUGAAAAUUGCAUGCGCCUGAAUUUGAAGGGUAGUCCUGGAUCACUCGGAAUAAGAUUCAUCAUGGAAAUGAAUACCAUAGUACAGCUCUUUUUCCUGUAAUUACGGUAGCAGCUAUCGUGCUCUUCCCUAGGUGUAACUGACAACCUAGUACUAUUACACAGUCCAUUUGUUUGAUCGAUGUUUCUCAUCAGCAUAAUUGGACAUCCCACCCUUAGUUUCAAUCGGUGAUUUGGAAUUCCAGAGGUCUUAAUACCAUGAAGAAAUUCCAAAUGCGAGAUACACCAAACCUAAAAAUGUGAAAAACAACACAACCAACCCAUAUGCGAGAUGAGAAACCUUCUAAAUCCAUCAAGAGCUCUGGAAUUCCAGAUCUCUUAAUACCAUUAAUAAACUCGCAUUUGACUUUAUUAUUAUUAUUCUCCCUUCUAGGGGUUUCUUGACACAUUUCUCCUCUUUCAACUGAUUCAAUAUACCCCUUUUUUUUAUAUGACCUUUGAUUGUUUUGUGAAACUGAGAUUUGGUCGGUUAAACAUGCUUCAUAAUCCGUUAAGGGUUUAAUGUGAAUCAUCAUUGUCUCUGCAGCCCAUGCCACCAUCUUUAGUGGCUUUGUUUUCUAGGAUUGUAAGCUUCACCAUUUGGACGAUUUAGAUUGCGUUGGUGCGGUUUUGUUAUUCAAUUCAUUGUUUCAACUGUUGGUUUCCCUUCUUCGUAUUGGCUUCAGACUCUUUGGCUCGUAAGGGCGCUGACUUAGCGUUAUGGAUGUUUUUUUGUGUUUCAGUUCGUUUGAUGGCCGUUGAUUCUUGUUAAUGUCAUUUUCGUUAGAGUGGGUUGUUGGUUAGUGCAUGCUACAAUGUUUCAUUCAACAUGUUUUAGAGUUGGGUUUUGAUUUUUUGUGGUCGUCUUUAAUUUUGUGAUCCCAAACGUUCAUACACCACUUUUUUUUUUUUUGGAAUAUAGUUUCAUCCAUGUACGUGGGUCUGUUGGAUUGUGCUCGUGAUUAAUGUUCAUUUCUUCAUAUCCUGUUUUUACCCGUUUGCGAUGUAUGUUUAUUACCCAUUUGUGUUUGUUUUACUUUUGUGUAUUUUAGCACUGUUUCUAUUAGCAUCUAUGGUGUGUAGAUUUAUUGGGUCAGGUUUUGGUCCCCCAGUCAUUGUACUUCCUUUUUAUUUUAAUCUACUAUAUCCUUCGCUUGAAAAAGUUACACAAAAAAAUACAUCUUACAUACAAUUAACAUAUAUUUAAGUUAUUUGACAUAUAGGUCACCAUAUAUUUAAAGUAAAUUUAGUAUAAAUUAUAAAGCAGUAAUAAUAAUGUACCAUAUAAAAAUGCCAUUUGAUUUAAUAAAGUAUAGUUUAGGGACCUUGCAGUCGAUUCUAAUUUAGAGAUCAAGUUGGUGAGAGAGUGAUAGUUUAUGACUAAUUUUACUCUUUAUAUAUAUAUAUAUAUUCCUCAAAAAUUGGUCAUAGAUGACUCGCUGAAAACCAAAAUUGUGACGCUGUUUAAGCGAUUGGUUAUAAGAUAUUUCUCAACAUCGGUAUAAUAUCUUAAAGCUAAUGUUUGUAAUUUAUCAUUUGAUUUGCAUGUUUGGCGAGUAAAUCUCUUAGUUUGUCUGGGAUAACUCACUUAGUUUUUUUUUGUUAGAUGGGUUGGCUUUGUGAUAUAUCUGUAUGACUUUUUAUUUGUUACGACUUCAUGCAGACUAUGUUUUUAGAUAGUAACCAUAUAUGUUAAUUUCAUUUUGGAUUCUUCAAAAGGAAAAAAUAUAUUAGUAUAAUAGUAGUGAUUAGAUUUUACAUAAAAAGACAAAAGGGAGUUGACUUUGUAUAAUUAUUUCCAACUAAUCGAUGAAAAAUUUGAGUUUUUUUUUGUUUGAAAGAAGAAAAUGUUUUUUUUGUUUGUAUAAAAAAAGAAUAUAAUUUGGUUGCUUUUUGUGGAAUGAAUGCUAAGUGGUGAAUGAGAUUUAACAAUCAAGGUAAGAAAAUACACGUUCAUACGAUAGAAGCUCGUAAUAAUUAAUAUUGAAGAUAACAUGUCAUGAUGAGAUUAAAUAAAGAUAAUGUGAAAUCCUUAACACUUACAUUGUGUAUUUAAUGUUUUGGAAAAAAAAAUAUUAUGGAGCAAGGGUGAAGUGUCAUGUCACCAUGCUCUUUUUUUUACCGAACUUUGGUGUGUUGGAAAGUUGAGAGGAAAUACAUGAAAUGUUUUGCUUGUUAGAAAAGUUAUUUAUCCAUUAUCAACAAUUUCUCCACUUUUUCUUUUGCUAUUGUUUCAAGUAUAGUGGUAGAAUAUUAAACUACCAACAAUUGCAAUCCAUCAAUGUUGUUACCUCCACAUUGAAAUUGUAAUUAAUGGUUUUUAUUCAUUUAAGAUAUAAUUAACAUGUUUUUAAUAAAACGCUUCUUAGUUCCUUUAUAAUAAAUAACAUUAUCAAGACGAUAUAAUUGAUGUGCAAUUAAAUGGAAAAAUUAUUUCAUUACUCAUGAUAUUUAAAAUAAUAUAUUAUUUUCUCUAAAAAAAAAAAUGCAUUCUUUUCACUUUUUUUUUAUUACUUUCUUUCUUUUCAUUUUUUUUAUUACUUUCUUUCUUUACACUUUUAUAUGAUAGAAAAACAAUGUUACAAUUUCUCCUGUGUCGAAUCUCAAACCGAGUUUCUUGAGAUUGAAAAGAGAAACUCUCAACCAAAUGAUUUCUCGGAAGAUAUGCAAAUAAUGUUACAAUUUAAAAGUGACAUUAAUAAUUUUAAAUGAUAUAUGCUUUUCACUUUUAACUUCUUUUUUUUUUCUUCGUAAAUAUAUAUAUAUAUAUAUAUAUAUAUAUAUAUAUAUAUAUAUAUAUAUAUUUUGAUGAAACUUUGAAAUGUCGCUUUAUGAUUUUUCACAAAUUUUUCAGGAAUUACUAUUAUACAUUUAAAGUGAAAAUGACACGAUUCUUAUUGCCUUUUUCAACAAACAAUAUCAAACUUGGAUUUGAAAUAGAACACCAAAUUAGAAAUUCAAAUUAAAAAUGUAGUAUUUAAAUAUAAAAAAAUAUUCAUUUUGAAUUAUGGGGUUUUCAAAUUCAAUAUUUUGUUUUGUGAGUUAAUGGUAGUAAAUUUUUGACUUUUCAUAAUUUGUUUCCGAUUCAACAUCACUGCCAAUUGAGCAUAAAUUAAAUCCAUUCUCUUGCUUAAUACUCCUAUCAGACCAUAUACAUAUUAAAUUAACACACUCCAAAUAACAUUUGAAUCUAUUAGGCACCUACAAAUUAAACACAUGUAAAUUAUUUACCUUCUAUUUAGAUAGAUACACCUUAUCCCAACAUACCCAAUUAUUUUUUCUUUGUUCCAAACCUCCACUUUAAAGGAACCUUUUAUAAAUUUGAGCUACUUCUUUCGCAACCUUUAUUGGUGCCUUAAAGAAAGACAAAAUGAAAAGCGGUAAGCUACUUACACCGAAUUUACAAGGACCAACCUACCUCGUAUAAACAAAUAUUGACCCUUCCACCACAAAAGUUUCUUCUUCAAUAAAUUUAUUAUCAUAAUCAAUUUUUGUGUUAGCACCUAACGAAAUACUUAAAAGCAUAACUAACGACACACUAUCAAUGUUACAAGAAAGAAAAUAUAAUGCCACCUCCAUAAAGGGGUCAUCCAAAUAUUAAUUCGAAACUUUCCAAAAUAGUUUUGAUGCUCCACAAGUUUUCCCAUAAUCCGUCGUUAAUCAAUAUAGUAUCAUUUGCAUAUUGAAGUAUAUCGAAACAUUUUUUUAUGAAGAAACUAAAUUAGUUAAUUCAAAUUAGCAUCAUAGACAAUCGAACCAGAAACUUUAAGGGGAAACACACUCCGACGACUUAAGUCAACACCACUAGACCAAAGUAUAUCGAAACUUAAUUCAUUAUUUACCUUAAAACUUUUAAAAGCUUCAAUAUUUGUGUGUUAAUAUUACCAAAUUUUCCUUUGUUUGUGUGUGUAUUAAAUUUGACUUUUCAUAUUUCAAUGCAAGUUAGUAGUAUUAAUUAGGGUAUGUUAAUGAAAAAAAAAAUGUAUCUAAUAAUUUGAAAAGGGACUUACAUUUAGGGAUAAAAAGAAAAUCAAAUGGGUACCUAGAUAUAAGGACGGAGUGAGUAAUUACAAACAAUUAACAUGAGUUUCUUGUUAGAAUUAAGAUCGAUGGAUGCAAAAAACGAAAUUUAAGAAAGAAUUUUGAAUUACUCAUAGAAUUAAGAUUUGCAUCAAAUGGUAACGGAAAUCAAAGUCAUAUAUGCACUCUAAGUCGUGUCAUUUACAUCCAUGGUUUAGUAUGUUUUAGUUAUCUCGAGUCCUCAUUUUACAUUUAUUAUGAAUUCAAAUUCAAAUUUGAAUAAUAAUGUGUAGAAUAAUUAUAAAAUAUUUCAUUUAUUCACUUUAAUUUGACAUUUUCUUCGAUCGUAUAAAUUAUAAUGAGUGUUCUUAAUAUACGACGUGUUUAGACAAAUGGGUUCUAGUUAAUAAGCCGUUCAAGCGAGGUCGCCGGUAUAAAUGAGCAUAUUAGAAUUGCCUAUAUAAUUUCUCCAUCGUUUUUUAGAAGCACCUCUAAUUUUUUUUCGCAUGUAUUAAAAAAAUUGGUUUGUAAAUUUAAUGUGUACAUUUCAUACGUAAAAUUUAAUAAUACCCUUUGUAUUAUUUUUAAAGGAAAAUACCCAUUGUAUCUUUAACUUUCAUAUUUUAUUUGGGUAAUGAAUUCUUGCAUUAUUUAUGUUCAGAAAAAAAAAAAAAAAAGGGACAGCUUUGAUGAAAAAAAAAAGCACCUAGUUUUUUGCAAAUGAGCUCAUAAUUAUAUUUAGAGUAAAAAAAUUAUUCAAGUAGAACUUAUUAUUAAAGAGGGAUUAAGUUUCACCCAAACAUUGAAUCGCAUAUAUUCUAAAAUAACAUCUGUUUAAUACAUUAAAUUCCAUUUUGAUAGGUACAAAUCCUGUGCAACAAAUUCAGAUAUCAGAUGGUCUCAAUGUGCAACCAAUUCAGAUACUCACCUCUGAUUUGGCUGAGCAACACAGAGAGGAACAACAGAGUGACAAAUAUCUUGAUUUACGCAUUGUUGGUCAUUGGAGUGAUGUUGUCACCAAUCUAGACUACACUCAAGGUUCCUCGUCAUUGUGUGGCACACUUUCCUCAAGAAUUGAGGUUUUAAACCAAACGUCGCUCAUGAAUUGGAGAUUUUGCGGCCACAUUUCUUGAAGGGUAAUGAUGAUAGGAACUUUGUGCCUCAACUUUACACUGAUGAAGAAGAAAGAGAGGCCGCUAUCAAUUAUCUGAGGAACCGCACUGCUGCUUCGGAAGAGCCCUACAUUGAGGUGGCGUCUCGAUCCACAAAGAAAAAGAAGCAGAAGGGUUUUCGGAUUCACAAUACUCGCUCCGCAAGUAGGUUACCAGAUUGAUUCAUGAGCUUUCUAUGAGUUACUUUCCUUGUUCUUGUUCUUGUUUGUUUUCUUUUCCCCUUUGUUUGUAUGCUUUUAUUUUCUUGUUCUUUUUAAGUUUGGCAUUUGGCCCCUGUUUUUUGUUGCCUUUAUCAUUUGAGAAGGUUUUGGUUAGGUCCCCCUUCUCCUUUUGUCCUUGUUUCUUUUUAUGUUUAUAUAUCUAGGGUGUUGCAGUUGAUUCUUCAUCUGCGCCCCUUUUGUUUGUUUAAAAAAAAAAAAAAAAAUCUAUUAUGAUUUGUUAAAAAAAAAGUUUGAUAUGUUUAAAUACACAUGUCUGGAUUAUAAAUUAAAAUAAAAAGAUUAUCAUUUUCUUUGUAUGUUAUACAUAAUAUUAAAUGAGCUUUGUAACAAAAAAGAUGUAUUAAUUGCUUUAAAAAAAAUGUAUUAAAAUGAGAUAACAGAAAAAAGAAAUGAAAUGAAAGGUAGUAUUAUUAAAAUCAUUGCAAAAUAAAACUUGUCAAUCACCAUAUAAUUAUAAAAAGCACAAGGUAUUUUUUCUUGGUCACAAGACCAAAUCAAUAAUGUUUGGAUACGCGCACAUAAAAAAUUCUCUUUAAAAUAUUCAAUCAUCUUUUUUAUCAAUUUCCUCCUUCUUAUUAAAAAAUACAUAAGAUUUGCAUCAACAACGUUACUCAUAGAAUACAUUUUUCCCUUUGCAUCAUACUCUUGAUACACAAGAUAUAUACAUCAAAUUCAGUUUACAAUAGCAAGAAUUGGCAAAAUUCUCAAACAUGUAGCGCUGCUAAUGCUGGAUUCGACCUGUAAAUCAAAGUUUGGCAAAAAUGUUAAUCAAAGUUCAGCAAAUAAUAGCAAGAAUUAUACACCCCUAACAUGACAAUUAAAAAAAUGAUUAAUAAGAAGUCUACAAAUUCAUCCAUUAGAUCGAUUAGAAUUAAAACGAAAUCAAUGUAUAUUAUAAUUUUUAAAAAUGAUUAGUAAGAAGUAAGAAUGGAAGAUUGUGUUGUACCAACAAAAAAAAGAAGGAGAUAUUAUCACUUCACAAAUAAAUCAAAACAAAACUUCUACAAAAAAAAAAUCAAAACAAAACAAUAGGAACAAUCAAUCACCUUUGAUUCUCUCACAUGAUUAAUUUUAGAAAUUAAACCUUUUAUGAAAUGAGAGCAUGAUAAACAAUAAAAGAAUAAGAAAACAAAACCGAUUUAACAAACCAAGAAAAUACUGGUUUACUAACGACACUCUCAAAUACUAUUUGUGUUGAAUUUUGAAAGUAGUGUUAGUGAAAAGCAUGAGUCUCAAGACGAUUAUUUAUAGCCAAAGAAAUCAAAUAAUCACAACAUAAUUAACUUUGAUUGGUAGAAAAUUAAAAUAAAUGACAAAUGAUUGGUUGAAAUAGCAAACAAUGAUGCUAAUAUAAAAAAUGACCGAGCAAACUAAUGGGUAUGAUUAUAGGCUUAUUAACAAUAUUGAUUAUCAUUUAAAUCCUAUAAAGAAAGGAUAACUAUUUAUUGGAAUUUACAAAUUAGUUGGCCGGAAUCAAUGGAAUUUGGAAUAACUUUGUUUUGCUCGAUCAAUAGUUUAUGGACCAAUUUUAAUGUACUGUUCAUUAUACAAAGAAUGUUUAUAUAUUUUUUAAAGAAAAACUAUUAUUUUUUAUUAAUAAACCUAAAAAAACUAUAUUUUAGAAAGACACAUGAUUAAAAUAACUGAAUGAUUUCAGAAACAUUUUCAAUAGACAGUUUGUCCUUGUUCAUAUCCCUAACAAACCAAAGUUGAAUGACUCGAACCAUGAUAUUCCAAUUUUCUUUCGAAGGGGAAAUAUCAGAAACAUAAUUGAUUUUUUGAACCAUUUGAAGUGUAAAGAGAGAUACGAAAUCGAAAGAAAGAAAAAUGGAGAAUUGAAAUUCUGAUGUGAAGAAAGUGUUAGCCAAGAUGUCUAAUUUAUAGUAUAUUUUACAGGAUAAUUUCGUAAAAUAUUCACAUUCAACUCGACAAUUCAUAUUUAAAUUUAUAUCUUAGUCAUUAAGUAAUACAUUUUUUUUUUGUGAAGCAGCGUAAUUAACUUUUUCAAUCAGCCCAUGACUUAAGGUUUAUUUUAGCAAGUCCGUUAAAUACAAUUAACUGAAAUCAUAUUUUUGAUAUUCUUUGUCAAUCAUCCAUUUAUGAUAUUCUUUGACUAAUGAACUUAAUGAUACGUAUUUAAUUCCAAUUAAUUUUUUUGAGGUUAAUUUUUAAUUCCAAUUAAUCAGCUUCAAUUCCCUUUUUUUUUUUUCUGUCCUAAAAUAAAAAUAGCACAUUUCAAUGAAAUUUAUUGAAAAGAAAGAACAGUUUAAUAAAAACCUUAUCAAUCAGCCCAUGAUUAUUGUUUUUGAUAUUCUUUGCCAAUCAACCAUCUAUAUAAUAUAAAUUUAGGAAAUAGAAUAUCAUAAAAAAAUAAUAAGUUUGCAAUUAAUGGAAAUAGAAUAAAGUAAAUUUUAAUGAGCAAUAAACACCGAAAAUUGAAAUAGAGCAGGAUGAAAGUUAUUACUCAAUUUGGUGUUUAGAGUAAUUAAAAUGGGAAAAUAUCAUAGCAAUGGAAAUAGCAUUUAAUGAGCAAUUAAAUUUUUAUCACUAAAAAAAAAAAAUGACAUAGAGCAACACACUUAAUAAGAAAUUUAAUUGAAACGCUAUUUUGUUAAAAAAAAAAAAAAUUUGUCUAAUACCAUUAAUAUCAUUAUUACGAAAAUAAAAAGUAAGAAAUGUCUAACAUUAUUUGGUGUUUUUUUUUAAUAAACACUAUUAUGCGUUAUUAUUAAUAAAAAACAAAUUUGAAUAAUUCAAUCGAUUGUUUUAUUUUAAUCUUUGAAUUCAAAUAUUUUAAUUCAAAACUAUCUUUUUUGAAAGAAUUUUAAUUUAAACUAUUUGAUUAUUAAAAAAAAUUAUUUGAUUCAAAUUUGUACUUUUUGAAUUCGAAAUGUUUGAUUUCUUCUAAUAUAAAUUCAAGUAAUAGAAUUUGAUAUUGUAAAACUUCCUUUUAUACAUGAACAUUAAAUACAAAUAUGUAAGGAUGAUUGUGGUGAGAGCAUUUUGUGAGGAUCAAUAUGGUGAGAGUAUUUGUAAAAAAGAAAGGGACAUGUGGCAACACCAAAACAAUAGUAAUUCAUUUCCAUAAAAGUCUAUGAAAUAUGUCCUAAAUUUAUAUUAUAUAGAUUCAUUUUUUAGACAUAAUUUAAAAGUACCUAAAUUAGAGUUAUUUUAUUUGCCAAUAUACGACGACUGUGACCGGGUGAGUGCUCUCAAGUUGAGAACUGGUAUAUAAUAUUAUCUUAAUUUAUUUCUCCUAAAAACAUUUAUUCAUUUUAUAUAUUUAUAAUUUAAUUGAGAAUAAUUAUUAUACUCCAAACAAUCUUUAUCUCUAUUAUAAAAAUUUGGCUUCAUGAUUUUAAAAUGUACGUGUGUCACUUCUCCAUUCUAAUGAGCAUCAAUGUCUAAUCCUUCUCAUAAAAAUUGUUUACACAUAUGAUCCAUUUCACAAGACAAUGUCAAUGUAAUUUAGCAUUAAUCAUAGGGAAUAAAAAGAAAUAAAAUCUCCACAAUUUUUAUUUUGAAUUGAAACAAUAUCUACCAUACUAAUUGAUUACCUUAAAUUAUAUCUUUUCAAAAAAAUAAAAAAUGAUCUUAACUCUAUUAUGUUACAGAGACAAAAAAUUAACAUGGUAAAAAAAAAAACAAAAAAAAUUCAAUUGCCACAAAAAUGAUAUGAACGAAAAAAUUGGUUUAAUGGUAUGUCAAAAAUAAUAAUUCUUAACGGUAUCAAAAAACAAAUAAGCCAAUUAAAUAUAAUAUAAAGACUAAUAUUAUAUAUUUGUAUUAUACAAUUCAUUUUCUAAUGGAGGAAACAUAAGUAUUUGAUUGAUUGCAUUUUUAAAAAAAAAUACGUCUCAAUAUUUAAUAGAAAUUAAUGUCUCAAUUUAAAUACAUAUUAUAUCAGUUUCUAAUUUAACCCUUAAAAAAAUCAGUUUCUAAUUUAAAUGCAUAUAUUAUCUCAAUCAAUUAUGUUUAAUGGUAUGAAACAAAUAAGUAUAAAUUUUUAAAUGUUUUUAAAAAUAAGUAAGCCUAUUAAUUCUGUUUAAUAGUAUACGUUUGCAAAACAAAAAAAAUCAACUGUAUAUCUACUUAUAUAGUAUAUGUUUGUAAAUGUUUUUUUCCAACGGUUUUGUAUAUGUAUUUUACCAAAGGUAUAUUUCUACAAAUAAGUAAACCAAUCAAAUUUUAUAACGUCGUCACAUUUUAACACUUCAACCAAUAACAAUGUAGCAUGUGGCAUCUUUUAUCUAAUAAUCCAAUCAGAAUACGUUGUUUUGUUUAUUUGCAUCAUAUUUUUUAUUUAAUCAAAUUGCACUUUACUUAUACCAUUUAUCUACAUAUGCUUUAUGUUUCUUCAAUCAUUCCAUCUUCCUAUUUCUCUUCCAUAUAGCGUUGUCAAACUCUUAAAAAAAUUAUCGUGGUACCAAAAUAUAAUUACAUCUAUCAUAUCAACCCGAUCAAAGUUGGUUCCACCCUAUUUUUCAUCAUGGUGCCUAUAAAUAUUGCUACAACUGACUUCUUUAAAUCUCGCAUAUUUUUCUUUGGUUCUUAAUUCUUCUGAGUUUGCAUUAUAUUAAAAACCAUCAUUUUAUGUUCAAACAUCUUUCUCCCUUCAAAAAAAAAAAUGUUCAAACAUCUUUCUAUCUCUCUAUAUGUUUCAGACUAUGUCUCUUUUUUGUUCAAUUUUCUUCUUUUUUUAGAAAGGAGUGAAAUAUGUUGAUUGUUCUUCGACCAAUUAUUUUUUGGGUUUGUCUAAAUUUUAUUGAUUUGUUCUAUUUUUUUCCAGUUAUUUAAAUUCAUUCAAAAAAUAGAAGCACGAGACUACAAUACAAGGAUUGAAGUUCAACACUAUAAAGAAUAUUCUUUUUAGGGGCACCGCAAAUAUUUUAGAGUUGUAUAUUUUACAGAACUAAUAAGUUGUAUAACAUCUCAUAAAUAUUUGUAUAUGUAUACAUACAAAGUUGUAUAUCUUAAUGAAUGCAUACGUUGUAGAGUUGUAUAUUUCCAAUCGGACAACAAAAUAUUGAAUGCUUUUGCUAUUAAUUUUUUUUGGGUGUUCAAAGAACUCUGAUCUACAAAUUUAAGGAGUUAAGGAAGGAAAAAGUCUAUUCUGAGUAACUUUGGUGUUGCUACAAAUCUUGGAUCUUAUUGGACAAAAAAAACAAGACAAAUUUUGAUUAUUAAAUGUUUGCUUAAACGGAACAUAGCAAUAGCCAAAUAAAGCCAGAAGGAUGCACAACAUGCUAAAAACUAUGGGAUUGUGUGGUGGUUUCAUUCAAGGAGCUUUUUUCCCGUUUCUUUCAUGAGAAAGUAAGGAUUAAACGAAUGACAUCAAAAAAUGAAGAAAACAAUUCGUCGUAAUGACAAGACUUCUCAUGAGCCUAAAUUGAGUUGGAUAAUCAUAUUAUACUAAGAGAAAUUGCACAAGUGAGAUUAACAUCACACCUUCAUCCAAAUUCUAAAGGCAUUAGAUACAAGGGCAAUCUCACUAUAUGUUUUCCACUUUCUAAUAUUGCAUGCAAUCUGGAACUUUAACUAAUAUAACACAUAUUAACAUCUCUUCCUUUACGUGUUAGACUCUUCGCAUCGGUGAUUUUGUAAUAUAGCCAAAUAAAAUCAGAUGAAGUCAUUUGAUGGUAAAAAAAAAAGGUGGGUUGAUGGUGAUUUAAUACAUGGGGAUUUACGUUCUUUUAUUUCAUGAGAAGUUAGAAAAUAAAUUAGAAAAGGAAAGAAGAUAAAAAAAAUAAUUUGAACAUGAGAGAAAUAAUAAGAGAAAAAUAUGUAAUGUGGGUUUUAUCGGUGAUAGUAUAUAAUAGUUUGAGUUACCGGUAAUUAUAUGGUUUUGUUGAAGAAGUUGAAUAUUUUUGGGUUAGUAUUACCAAAGAGUAUGACUUUAUUAAAAAAACAUCACAUCAUUUUAAAAUGUCUAAUAAACAUAUAUUUUAUAAACUCAUCAUAACUCAUCUGGAUUUUCCAUUGUCACAUCCCCCAAAGACUAGAAGUGAAGGAAUUUAUAAUAAUGGAGGUUGACUACAAAAAUACAAUGAAAGCUAAUGACAUCCGACAACAAAGUUUUACAGAAAAAAGGUUAAUUAAAAAAAUAUUGCAUAUAAAUAAGAUUUUUUUUUGGUUUUAGUCCAUAGAAAUAAGUCACAUUUUUAAUCGUUGUAACAUUUUCCUUUGAACAUUUUAUAGCCCAAAUUGUUGACGGAAAAUUUUACAGUGACUAAAAAUAAUGCUGACAGAAUAAUUUUACAAGGGCCAAGAUGUGCGAUUUAUUUUUGUAGAAAUUAAAAAUGAAAUUCUUCAAUUUUUUUUUUUGGUACAAAGAAAUUCUUGAUAUUUAUAGAGACCUUUUAGCUAAUUAACUCUUCAAAAAAUAGCAAAUAACAUCGAAAAACCGACAAAAUAGUUCAUCAUAAUGUUGAGUCUACAAAGGAAGCCUAGAAUUGGUCGAAAUAUCACAUUAUGAUAAUAGCAAUCACACAAGUGAGACUAACACCACAUCUACGCUUAAAAUGUAUAAUAGAGUAGUGCUAGCACACUCUCUUUUGAACACUCUCUCUAAUACUCACUUUCUUAUUGGUUUAAAUCAUUGCGGAUCUACACUUUGGAGAUAGAACUCGCAUAAAGUGGUGAGACAUACAUUGAUUUCAUCCAAUAAAAUAGUGAGUGCUAAAGAGAGUGUGCAAAAGUGAAUGUUGCUAGCAUUCAACAUUUAAUUUGUCAACUCAGUAUUACGCGUCUACAAUUUUAUAAUCUAUAAAAUACUAAAGAUUGACUAAAAAAAUAAGUAAAAUUUUUAAACAACGGGCAUCUAAAAUAAAUAAAAUAGUUUAUCAUAAUGUUGUGACUUUCAGGGGAACAUAAACUGAGUUGAACAAUCACAUUACAUCAAUAGAAACCAUAAAGUGAGACGAACACCACAUGUUCAGUUAAAACCUUAAAGCAUUAUGUAUGAGUCAUCUCACUUAUAUUAUUCUUACCACAUACUCACUCAUAUAUGACAAAUUAACUUCUCUCUUAAAUGUGAGACUCUUUACAUCUGCAAUCUGGUAACAUAACCAAAUAAAGUUAUACUUAGUCACAACAUUGUAAAAAAAAAAAAAAAAGACUUGCGGUGAUUUUAUGAAGAGAUGUUUCUAUUCCUCUCAUUCAUGUGAACAAAGAAACUAAACCAGAAAAAGAAAUAAGAUGAAAAAGAAAUUUUAACUUGAGAGAAAUGGUUAUGAAAAAAAAAAAAAAAAAGGAGUGUGUGCUUUGACCGUGAGAGUAUAUGGAAUAUUGUUUGUUGCUGGUAAUUUUAUGGGUUUCUUGAAGAAUUUAGAGUAAUUAAUAUACCAAAAAUUAGACUCAAAUUUAAAAUUUUAAAUAAGCGUGUAUAUUGUCAACUUAGCAAAACGGCAUAUGCAUUUUUCCAUUGUGAAGUUCUACCAAAGACAAAAAAUGAAGGAAUUUGAAAUAAGUGAGGUUGAAUAAAAAAAUAGCAUGAAAAUGAACGAUCUCCAAUAACUAAAAUUUAACAUACAAAAAUUAAAUAAAUGAGACCCACCAGCUAACAAAUAAUUCAUCAUAACUUUGGGACUUCCAAGGGAUCCUAUCUUGAGUUUUAUCACCACAUUAGACCAAGAAAAAAUACACAAGUGAAAUUGAUAUCCUUCCAUCUCACUUAUAUGUUGUUCAAAAUUUAUCAUUUCAUCCAAUAUAAAUUUUUAACUCAUACUUGACACAUUAACACCUCUUAUUCAAAUUUGCAACUCUCCUGUUCAUAAUUACGUGAUAUAGUCAAAUAAGAUCAAAGGAAGAUACAAUAUGUUUAAAAAAGUUUGUUGGCGAUGGUUUCAUUACAAGUGGUUUAUGUUCCUUUCGUACAUGGGAAGGGGGGAAAAAAUAGAAGGAAAUCAAUUGAAUGUAUUUCAUGACCGUCUUUUCACUAGUUUAUAUAAGAAAUGUACUAAUAGAUUCGACGAUAAUUUGAUGAGUUAAAAACACAUGACUUAUCAUAUCUGUUUAAUUCACGUGACAAUACAUUAUUAAAUGUAUUUGUAAAACUUUUGUACAUUGAUGUAUAUAAGUUAAGGAAAAUGUUGGUGAGUACCUAAAAGCAUUCUUUAAGAGUUUAAAAUAGUAAGUUUAUAUGAAAAAUUUGAGUAAUGCAUUGAAAAUUUAAAUGUUUAACCUUUUAAAUAUAUGCAUUGAAUUCUUCAAAAAUAUAUAUAUGCAUUGAAUUAAUUUCUUUAUUUAAAAUUCUUAAAGAGUGUCCUAAGGACACUCGUUAGCAAGACCGUGAAUUAAACUCUCUAUUAGUUGUUCCAUAAGUGUAGCUCAGUUGGUAGCUAUCAGAGAUAAUUUAUGCAGGGGCCGGGGUUCGAACCCCGAAUUCGCCACUUCUCCACACAUAAUAUGUGUGAAUCUAGCCACUAAACUACUUGAUCAAAAAAAAAAAAAAAACUCUAUUUGUUUCACAUUAGUCAUUUAAGUUAUACAAUGAAAAAUAACUUGGUUGAAGAAAGAGAGAUGAUGAGUUUUUUUUAUUAUUAUAAGUUUUUAUAUAUUUUAUCGAUUUAGAUCUGUCACGUCAGAUGUUACAAACCUUAAAUUUAGAGGACCACAAACGUAGUUUAGUCUUUAUUAAUAAAUAACUUACUGAAUUAGUUUUCGUUAUUGCUUCCUCAAUAUUCUUUGAAUUCAUACUUCAUAGGUUGACAGUGGCGGAGCCACGUUCACCUCAGGGGAUGCACAUGCACCUCCUCACUAUUAUAAUUUUGCACCUACUAUGCUAUUAUAUUUUUAUGUUGAAUCCCCUCAAUUUUCUAUUUUGCACCUCCUUUGCAUCUGACUUUAAAAUAUGUUCGUAGAUUUAGGCACACAUCUUUUUUCUAUUGGAUUUAUUUAUGUGCUGGCCUGCUGGAACCCGCCAUUAGUUAUUACCGAUGCAAUUCAGCUUUUCUUGUCGACUAUAUUUACCUUCUUCUUAUUAUUAUAUGGGUUUUUCCAUCAUGUAAUUUGCACAUGUUAAGAAGUUUAAAGUAGUAACUUUAACUUGGAACUUGUGUUUUUUAUAUUAAAUAUGUAGCUUUUAAUCAAUAAUUGUUGGUUUUUAAUGAAAAAUGACUACUUUUAGUUAUCUUAACAUGUGCAAUAUUGCACAUGUUAGACAAACCCUUAUUAUUAUAUUAUAAUAAUUAUUUACUGAAAUACCAAGAUUGAAUCUCCUGCUAUUGAAUUUAACAAGAUAUACCACCAAGCCCAUACGAAUCAGAUUGGUUGAUGCGCGCAAGUGUUAUUUAUAACUCAUAUUUCAUAAAAAACUUUUAUUACCUUGUUAAAAAACUUUUUCUUUUCUAAAUUAUUCAUGAUAUUACUUUUCUAUAUUAUUGGUGAUUGAUGAUAUUACUUUUCUAAAUGUUAAAUGGUAAAUAUUAGAAUUUACGGUUAGUGUAAGAAAUUUAAAAAAUUUAUAUGUUAAUAUAACAACUUUUGAAGUUAGCCAUGAUCAUUUUUAUGUUAUGAAGAUUGUAAAGACUAUGUUGUGUAAUCAAAUGGAAGCAAUGGGAUGUAUUACACCACAAAAAAAAAAAAAAUAAGGAGGUAAUGGAUGACCGAUUAUUAUCUCAUGACUUAUAUUGAGAGAUGAGUUUGAUAACAUGAAUAAUAGGUUGAUAAACCGCAUUUGGGACCAAAAAAAAAAUCGAUAAACCACAUAAUGAAAAAUUGUAUAAUGUUUUUAAUUUUGAUUACAAUUUUUUUAUGAAGGAUUACAAUUUUUAAUCAGUUGGUAGAGACAAUGCAUAAUAUACGCAAGGUCCGGGGUUCGAACUUCAACCACCAAAAAAAAAAAAAAAAACAUCUAAAUUCGUGGCUUGAACCCCCUGGUCCAGGGUCCUGGCAACGCCAGUGGGUUCACCAUAAGCCAGCUGCUUAAACUUUCAGAGCCUAUUGUACAGUACAGUUUAUAAUCUUCUUCUCUUUUCAUCUGUUGCGUUUUUUAAAUAUGACAGAGGCCUUACUUGGUGUUGCAUUUGAGAAUUUAUUGUCUCUUGUUCAAAGUGAAUGUUCAACCAUUUCCUGAAUCAAGUUUAAUGCUCAAAAGCUAUCAACCACCUUAGAUCUUAUCAAGGUUGUUCUUGAAGAUGUUGAGCAUAAGCAAGUCUCAGACCGCUCUAUUAAGAUAUGGCUUCAACAAAUCAAAGAUGAUAUAUAUGUGCUUGAUGAUAUCCUUGAUGAGUGCUUGAUCGAGUCUGGUCGAAUUAGAGGCUCAUCCUCUUUCAAACCAAAGAACAUUGUAUUUCGCCAUGAGAUCAAUAGGUUGAAAGAAAUUACCAGAAGAUUAGAUAAGAUUGCUGAAAAUAAGAACAAAUUUCAUCUAAGAGAGGGUAGAUGACUUAGGGAAAGGCCACAUGAAGUAGCUGAAUGACGCCAAACCAGCUUUGUUAUUGCUGAACCAAAAUUGUAUCGGUGAGAAGAUGACAAUGUUAGCGGCCAACUCUCGGGAGGGAUUUAGUCCCACAUCGGAUAGAUAGGAUUCUUGAGAAGAGUUUAUAAAGAGGAGGAACUCCUCACCGUACAAGUCGGUUUUGUAUGGAUCAGUUAGGCCUCGAUAUUCGUGACAUGGUAUCAAAGCCUAUCGGGUCCAUCGUUGGGCUUGCAUCGUCCACGCUUCAGGCCCGUUGGGACCGCGAUGAAGUGUGAGGGGGUGUGUUAGAGGCCAACACUUGAGGCGAUUUAGUCCCACAUUGAAUAGAUAUGAUUCUUGAGAAGAGUAUAUAAAGAGGAGGCACUCCUCACCGUACAAGCCGGUUUUGCAAGGAUAUGAGUUAGGCCUCGAUAUUCGUUACAGACAAAGAUAAGAUUGUCAAGUUUCUUCUCACCCAAGCGAGGGACACUGACUUCCUUUCCAUCUAUCCCAUAGUUGGUUUAGGAGGUAUUGGAAAAACAACUAUUGUUCGAUUGAUCCACGAUGAUAUUAGGGUGAGUGGAAAUUUUAAUAUAAUAAUUUGGGUUUGUGUAUAUGAGACUUUCUCUCUCAAUAGGAUUGUGUGUUCUAUUAUAGAACCUAUCAUAAGAGAGAAGUGGGAUGGCUUCAAUUUAGAUGUAAGGUAAAAUAUAUUUGUUGAUUUUGGACGAGUGUGGAACAAAAAUCAAAAACUAGAAUUCGGAUUAUGCCAAGAGAAAUGGAAUAUGUUGAAAUAUGUGUUGUCGUGUGUAUCCAAAGGUAGUUUCAUUUUUGCGUCCACUCCUGAUGAGGUUGUUGCGACAAUCAUGGGAACUUGUAAAACUCAUCCUUGUUCAAACAAUAUGUUGGGAAAAAUCCAAGUCCCACAUCGGAUAGAUAAGACUCUGAAUUAGAGUUUAUAUAGAGGAGGCAAUCCUCACCUUACAAACCGGUUUUGUAAGGAUGAGUUAGGAGUGAUGAAGUAGUGAUAAAAAAAAAAGAAAAAGGAAUGACUUGAAAUUAAAGAGAGCGAACUUUGGGUUUUACAACAUAAUGAUUAUAGUUUGUCUGAUUUGAGGUUGAGCUACUUUCAUUUAACUCCAACCUUAAAGCAGUGUUUUGCUUUUUGUGCCGUGAAGGAAUAAUUGUUUUAUCUCUAGAUGGCUGAUGGAUUUAUUUCAUCUAGGCGUAAUUUGGAGGUCCUAGAUGUUGCUAGCAUGGCUUGGAAUGGAUUGUGCCAAAAACCAUUCUUUGAAGACAUCAAGAUCUAUGAAUAUUCUAAAGACAUUUCUUUAAAGACGCGUGAUCUUUUCAAUGAUCUUGCUCAAUCAAUACUGGAGCAACAAUAUAUGUAUCUGGAGAAUGCAAACAUGACUAGUUUGACAAAAAGCACCCAUCACAUAAGUUUUGACUCCAAUAAUUUGUUAUCAAUCGAUGACGGUGCCUUCAAAAAAGUUGAAUCCUUGCGAACAUUGUAUGACUUAUAAAAAUAUAUUCCACAUAAGAACCUAUAUUGCAUUUUCUUAGGUGCAUAUUUUAGCUAUGACAUUUCUUAACAAUGUUUUGUAGAGAAACCUAUGUUGCAUUUUUUAGUUCGUUUUAGUAACUUUUUGAUUUCGUAUUGUUUAGAAGGGACCUUAUAGCCACUUCGAGUACAUCGAAGCAGCUUUUAAAACUUGACAAAUUAACGAGGUAGAGCAUGUGAUAUGGGAAACAAAGUUUGUAUAUGUUGAUAUGUAAACUAAUGAAAUAGAUGUCUAAUUGAUUUUCUAUUUGGGACUCGAGAGUUUCAUAUCUUAAUUAUGUGUAUGCACAAACGAUGUAGAUGCAAUACAAGAAUGAUAUUAGAGGUCCACAUAGCAAUAAAAUUAAUUAAUGAAAAUAUUAUAACUAUUCUCAUCUAUACUAUAUAUAUAAAGAAAAUAGUGUGUUGUAUUUUUUUUCUGACUUUUUCUCUUUUUAAAAUAACCAUCAACUUUCAAUAUAAAUAACAACUAUAACAAAUUGAUAAGAGUAAAUGAAGUAUAACAAACACGAUGAGUGUAAAUAUGUUCAGUUUUUUUCUUUUAUCCUUUAAAGGCGUAACAGACUAGAUAAGUAUAUUUAUACUUACUUUUUCAUUAUCCCAAUUAUACACUUAUACAAUGUUUUCUAUAAUAAAGAUUGUUGUUGGUUUUAUUAAAAAAAAAAAAAAAGAAUUUAGAUUAUAUUUUUUUAAAAAAAAUUAGAUUAUAUUUUUUUGUUAUAUUGUUGAUGUCAUUGAAAUGGAUAGUCGUGAUUAGUUUGAUUUGUUAUAAUUUGAAAUUAAAAAGAAUUUAUAUUUUUACUUUUAAUCAAAAUCAAAUUUCAUAACAAAAAACACUUAUCAUAAUUUUCAAAUGUUAGUGUGAUAAAAAAACAGAAAGACGGACACAUGAGUGCAUGUCUUUCUACUAGUUUUUAUAAUUAGAAUAUUAUAGUUAUUCUCAUUUUAAUUUAAAAGAUAUAAAAAUUAUAAUUAAAAAAUGGCUUAAAUAUGUAAAUCGUCCCUGUAAUUUGGCGUAUUUUUUGUUUUCGUCCCUGUAUCUUUUUUUGUUCUAAAACAACCCCUAUAAGUUAAUAACUUUUUGAUUUUCGUCCCUCCUGUCAACUUCCGUUACAAAAACGCACAUGUGGAAAACGGAGGAUGACGUGGCAGACAAUGCUGACGUGGCAAACUUAUUGAUGAGUCACACAGUGAAAGGUACCAAAAUCAAAAAACGAAAUUUGUAGAAGGACCAAAGCCAAAAAAACAAAAUUCGUAAAGGGAACAAAACCAAAACCAAAAAACGAAAUUUGUAGAUGGACUUGACUAUUUCCAGGACCAAAACCAAAAAACGAAAUUUGUAGAGGGACCAAAACCAAAAAACGAGAAGACGAAAAAUUCAAAUUUAAUUACAUUUCUUCAUCUUCUUCUUCAUUACUAUCAUUGUCUUCAUAAACUUCAUCAUCAUCAAACAAACACAAAAAUUUGUAGAUGGACUUGACUAUUUCUAGGACCAAAACCAAAAAACGAAAUUUGUAGAGGGACCAAAACCAAAAAACGAGAAGACAAAAAAUUCAAAUUUAAUUACAUUUCUUCAUCUUCUUCUUCAUUACUAUCAUUGUCUUCAUAAACUUCAUCAUCAUCAAACAAACACAUAAAUUCAUCACUUCAAAAUUCAAAAAUCCAUCAACUUAAAACAACAACAAACUCAAUCCAACACCUUCAAUUAUACCUUCAUGUGAUAACUUCUCUUUUAUUUCUUCUCACAAACAACAAAAUCAAAUUAAACCAAUAUACCCACUAUUCAACGUGCAAUCCAAUUUCACACACUUUAAAAUCGUUUAAAAUAAAACUUAUCUCAAUUCAACAUUCCAACAUAUUUUUCAAUUCUAUUUAUUAUCCCUCUAGAUCUUCAAAUGAAAAGAAUAUUCAUAUCAAACUUGAACCUUUCUCUUAUAAUCCAAUUUCACACAACAAUCUUCCAAAUCAAUCGGAAAAAAAGAACACAACCCAAAUGUUCGAAACAAAAAUGAUGAGAUUAGAGUUCAAAGAAUUGACGAAGAAAGUAUUUGGAGUGACCAAGAAAUAGCAGAGAUGCGAGAUCAAUGAUGAGACGAGAGUUGGUAAUGAAAAAAAAUCAUUCUUUAGGUUUUUCAAUUUGAGAAUUUUGUGAAUUUUUCAAUAUUGGGAAUUCGAGCAUUCACAAUGAGGAUUUUGUUGUUAUAAUUUGAUUUUGAUAUUAUCAAUAAAAGUUUAGUGGGACUAUGAACAUUGUGGAUUUUAGUGUUGAGAUGUCAAUCUGACCAUUGUCAAUGGGAAUUUUGUUUGGGUUUGUGAGAAGUUGUCUAUUGAGAGGGAGAUGAUGAUUUUGAAGUUUUUUUUUUUAUCUCUUUUCUGAGUAUUUUCUCUUGGGUUUUUUGAUGAUUUAUGAAGACAAUGAUGAAGAUGUAUAAGAGGUGGAAGGAAGAAGAUGAAGAAAGCUAUUUUUUUCUCGCUUUUUGGUUUUGGUCCCUUUACGAAUUUUGUUUUUUCGGCUUUGGUCCCUCUACAAAUUUCGUUUUUUGGUUUUGGUCCCUCGCACUGUGUGACUCAUCAAUAAGUUUGCCACGUCAGGCACUGCCAUGUCAUCCUCCGUUUGCCACAUGUGCGUUUUGUAAUGGAAGUUGACGGGAGGGACGAAAAUCAAAAAGUUAUUAACUUACAGGGGUUGUUUUAGAACAAAAAAAGAUACAGGGACAAAAACCAAAAACACGCCAAAUUAUAGGGACGACUUACAUAUUUAAGCCUUAAAAAAUUGACUAAUGACAACGAUCGUUGCCUCAUUAUAUGAAUUGUAUCUUCGAACGACGUUCAGUAAUAACUCAUCUGUAUAAAAUAAUCUCAAAUUAAUAAAGUGACAAACAAAAAUAAGGCAAAAUUUACAAAUAACAAUUUAUCACUUUUUAUAAUGAAUAAAAAUGUGUAAAAGUUUUUUUUUUUUAAAUAAAAGAACUUUUGUAUAGAAAAAAAAAAGUUAUAAAAAACACAAGUAAGGUUAUUAUAAUAAAUUUGUUGGUCAACUUGUUUUCCUAAAUUUAUUUAUUUAUAGUAGAUAGAUAGGUAUCGGUGAAUGACCUCCUUGCUUGGAUUGAUGGUGCAUAAUAUUAGUACCUUGACUUUGUAAUUAUUGUAACUGUUGCAGGUGUCUUUCCUUCUCACACCUUGUGCAGGGAGUCACUGGUGUCUAUAAUAUAUCUCAUUUUAAUUUGUUAAAAAAAAAAAAUUCAAAAUCGUAUUGAAACUUAUAUUUAAUUAAAUAAAUAGAAAGGUCUUUUUUUUUUUUGACAAGGUGUUCUUUUUGUUAAGCAGUACAUAUAUGCAUAUUAUAUUUUAGAGGAGUAAUAUUUGAACACUCAUUUGAGACAACUCUUGUGACAACUUUCUCUCUCUCUCUCUCUUCAUUGGUCAAGAACAAUGGAGAGAGAAAAAAGAAGAGAGAAAAUAAAAGUAUAAUGUGAGUAUGAAAGAGAAAAUUGUCAUAAAGUGGUUGUACAAAUAUCAUUUCUCAAUAUUUUAUUGAAAAAUUGGUAAAAUAGAUAAGACUUGUUAAGCUGUCCAAUAGACUUGUUCAAGCUGUCCUAUACAUUAUUAAAUGCAUAAAACAAGUCCUGCACCAUAAACAAUUGGUUAUCGUCCUUAGCCAGAGCAGGGGUGGAUCCCAACAUGGCAUGGUGUGGCAAGUGCCACACCAAUUUUUUUUUUUUAUAUAUAUUUUUAUUAAUUUAUUGUAUAAUUUUACUCAUAUAUUAAUACAAAUAUCUAUUUUUUUUUAUUUUAUGUUUAUACAUGUAUCUAUAUAUUUAUUCAUAUAUUAACAUGGUGUUAUAUGUUAUUUUUUUAAUUUAUACAGAUGUCUAUAUUUGUAUUCAUAUAUUAAUAAGAGAACCUAUUUAUUUAUUUAUAAAUGUGUCUAUAUUUGUACUCAUAUUUAAUAAAUAAAUAUUUUUUUUGUACAAUUUAUACACAUAUAUCUAUAUUUUUUAUUCAUAUAUCAAUACAAAGAGAUAUGCUCUAAAAAAAAAAUCAAUACAAAGAUAUAUAUAUAUAUAUAUAUAUAUAUAUAUAUAUAUAUAUAUAUAUAUAAAAUUUCUACACAAUUGCAAAUUACUUCGAAAAAAAGCGCACACGGGUAUCUUGUUAGAGCAUUUGAUUCAUCUCUUGUAACCUAUAUAGAAAGGGAUAUUCUUAGAACAAUUAGUAAUUAUAUAAUUUUAGUUUAUAUUCAACAAAUAAAAAAUAGAUUAUUUUCUUUGUAAUUUUGAUUGCUACAACUAUUUUUAAUAUAUCUUCUUAUUAAAUUUAAUAUUAUUUAAUUGUUUGACAAAAAAAAAAUUUGCCCCACUAAUAAUAUUGUGAAAUCAGAUCCGCCCGUGACCCAAAGUACUAAAUUUAAAUACUAGUGGCAUGAAAUUUUAAAGAUUAAAUAUAAGUGAAUGACGUUUCACCAACUUGAAUGAAAUUUUAUAUGGAACGUAAAUAAAAAAAGGGUUUUUCUAACCUGUGCAAGAUUGCACAGGAUAAGAAGUGAUUAAUGCACCAUAUUUUAUGGGUUUCUCCAAAUCCUAUUAAUGAGCCAAUUUAUUAGCUUCUUAUUUGUUUUUUUUUUUUGACAAAAUUUAUUAGCCUUUCCUUAAAACUCGUUCUCUUCCACGCUCACCGCACCAAUAAGUAAGAACAAAAAACUGUUCUCUCUCUCUCUCUCAUAUUUGUUUUCUUCUAAAAGCUCUCUCUCUAAUAUUCAUUCCAAUGCAGGUAAUAACCAAAUCGGAAUCAAGGUAUAACAUGAAUUAUAUCUUUUGUAAUAAUUUCUUCUGGUUCUUCUUUUGCUUUGAAUUUGGCUAAUUCUUCUCACAGUGUUCAAAUUGACGGGAGAACCAAAAUUGGGCUCAAGUACACUAUAUUCCAAACCUCUCAAACUGCACUAACCCGUAUAACUGCAAAGCUUCUUUUUUGAAGGAACUGCAAAGCUUUUAAAAGCAAACUGUAAUAUUUCAAACGAAUGAAAGCAAACUGCAAAGCUUUUGUGACGUGAGAAGAAACUGUAAUAUUUCAAGCUUAUAAAAGCAAUCUGUAAUCUCUUAAAAAAAAACUGUAAUAUUUCAAACUUGAAGAGUGACGUGAGAAGAGAAUAAAAUGUUUUAAUGUCUUUGUAGAAUGUGUCUUUUAAGGGAAGAAGAAGAAAAUGUAUUAGAGAAGAGAAGAAGGAAAAAAAACAAUUUUCAAGGAAAAGACUCGUUAAUAAGGUUUGGAAAACCCAUAAAAUAUGAUGCAUUAAUUACUUCUUAUCCUGUGCAAUCUUGCACAGGUUAGAAAAACCCAUAAAAAAAUGCAGGCACUAGAUUCAUAAACAUUUUCUGAAGAUCGUUAUUCUGUCUGUCGGCCACAUCUUAUUGUCUCCAUUGACAGAUUCAUGAACUUGUAGAUUCUUUAUUCGUGCUCAAGUAUCAAACCAACGCAAAAGACACAAUUACACAAAUAGAAUCAAUAAUGGGCCCCAAUAACGUUAACAUUUACAUAUUUUUCAUUCAUGCCGACAUUAAUAUAUUUUUUGUAAAUUGUUUGUGAGCACCUACAUGCUGACUUUCUACUUUCAUUGCAUUUAUUUUCAAAGGUCCUCCAGCUUGGUUCAACACUCAUUCUAUCUAAACAAAUUUCUCGUCUUCUUAUCUUUUCAACUCUUUAAUUUGUUUUCACAAAAAAAUGGCCGACGCUUUGCUUGGAGUUGUGUUUGAAAAUUUGACGGCUCUCCAUCAAAAUGAAUUUUCAACCAUUUCUGGAAUUAAGUCAAAGGCUCAAAAGCUAUCAGACAACUUAGUUCACAUCAAGGCUGUUCUUGAAGAUGCUGAGAAGAAACAAUUCAAAGAACUCUCUAUUAAGCUAUGGUUACAAGACCUCAAAGAUGCUGUUUAUGUGCUCGAUGAUAUCCUUGAUGAGUACUCGAUCGAGUCUUGUCGACUGAGAGGAUUUACCUCUUUCAAACCAAAGAACAUCAAGUUUCGCCAUGAGAUCGGUAACAGGUUGAAAGAGAUUACAAGGAGGUUAGAUAAUAUUGCUGAACGUAAGAACAAGUUUUCUCUACAGAUGGGUGGAACUCUUAGGGAAAUCCCAGAUCAAGUAGCUGAAGGGCGCCAAACCGGCUCCAUUAUUGCUGAACCAAAAGUGUUUGGACGAGAAGUUGAUAAAGAAAAGAUUGUUGAGUUUCUUCUCACCCAAGCGAAGGACUCUGACUUCCUUUCCGUCUAUCCCAUAGUUGGUUUAGGUGGUGUUGGAAAAACAACUCUUGUUCAAUUGGUCUACAAUGAUGUUAGGGUGAGUGGCAAUUUUGAAAAAAAAAUUUGGGUUUGUGUUUCUGAGACUUUCUCGGUAAAGAGGAUUUUGUGUUCUAUUAUAGAAUCUAUCACAUUAGAGAAGUGUCCUGACUUUGAUUAUGCUGUAAUGGAAGGAAAGGUGCAAGGAUUGUUGCAAGGGAAAAUAUAUUUGCUGAUUUUGGAUGAUGUGUGGAAUCAAAAUGAACAAUUGGAAUCUGGGUUAACACAAGAUAGAUGGAAUCGUUUGAAAUCUGUUUUGUCGUGUGGAUCAAAAGGUAGUUCCAUUUUAGUGUCCACUCGUGAUGAGGAUGUUGCAUCAAUCAUGGGGACAUGGGAAAGUCACCGUUUGUCUGGUCUCUCUGAUAGUGAUUGUUGGUUGUUGUUCAAACAACAUGCAUUUAAACGUAACAAAGAAGAGGAUACAAAGCUUGUGGAAAUUGGAAAGGAGAUAGUAAAGAAAUGUAAUGGAUUGCCUCUUGCAGCAAAAGCAUUGGGGGGUUUAAUGGUCUCAAUGAAUGAAGAAAAGGAAUGGCUUGAUAUUAAAGACAGUGAGCUUUGGGAUUUACCACAUGAAAAAUCUAUUUUACCUGCUUUGAGUUUGAGUUACUUUUAUUUAACACCAACCCUAAAGCAAUGUUUCUCCUUUUGUGCUAUAUUUCCCAAAGAUAGAGAAAUCCUGAAGGAAGAAUUGAUUCAACUUUGGAUGGCUAAUGGAUUUAUUGCAAAGAGGAAUUUAGAGGUUGAAGAUGUUGGAAACAUGGUUUGGAAGGAAUUGUACAAAAAAUCGUUCUUUCAAGAUAGCAAGAUGGAUGAAUAUUCUGGAGACAUUUCUUUCAAGAUGCAUGAUCUUGUCCAUGAUCUCGCUCAAUCAGUAAUGGGGCAAGAAUGUAUGUGUUUGGAGAAUAAAAACACGACUAAUUUGUCAAAAAGCACACACCACAUUGGUUUUGACAGCAACAACUUUUUAUCCUUCGAUGAAAAUGCUUUCAAAAAAGUUGAAUCCUUGCGAACUUUGUUUGACAUGAAGAAAUAUUAUUUUCUUAGAAAAAAAGAUGAUCACUUCCCAUUAAGCAGCUCUCUCCGUGUUUUAAGCACAUCUUCUCUGCAGAUCCCAAUAUGGAGUUUAAUUCAUUUAAGGUAUUUGGAACUUACUUAUCUUGACAUAGAAAAGUUGCCUAACUCAAUUUACAACUUACAAAAACUGGAAAUCUUGAAAAUAAAACGUUGUGAUAAACUGAGUUGUCUUCCAAAACGCUUGGCUUGCUUACAAAAUCUUAGGCAUAUAGUCAUUGAAGAAUGUCGGUCUUUGUCUCUAAUGUUUCCUAACAUUGGAAAAUUAUCUUGUCUAAGAACAUUAAGUGUGUACAUUGUUAGUUUAGAGAAAGGGAAUAGCUUGACAGAGUUACGUGAUCUAAACCUCGGUGGAAAACUGCAUAUCCAAGGAUUAAACAAUGUUGGCAGGUUAUCUGAAGCUGAAGCGGCUAAUUUGAUGGGUAAAAAAGACCUUCAUCAAUUAUGCUUGUCGUGGAUAUCGCAACAGGAAUCUAUAAUUAGUGCUGAGCAAGUGCUCGAAGAGCUUCAACCUCACUCAAAUCUCAAUUCCUUGACAGUAAAUUUCUAUGAAGGAUUAUCGUUACCAAGUUGGAUAAGCCUUCUUAGUAAUUUAAUUUCUCUUAAUCUUUGGAAUUGCAACAAAAUUGUGCUGCUUCAGUUACUUGGUAAACUACCAUCUCUAAAAAAUCUUAGAGUAUAUCGUAUGAAUAAUCUGAAAUACUUGGAUGAUGAUGAAUCUGAGGAUGGUAUGGAGGUGAGGGUUUUCCCAUCUCUGGAGGUACUCUACUUACAACGCCUACCAAACAUAGAGGGGUUAUUGAAAGUGGAAAGAGGGGAGAUGUUUCCUUGUCUUUCUAACUUGACAAUCUCCUAUUGCCCUAAAAUUGGACUGCCAUGUCUUCCAUCUCUUAAAGACCUCUAUGUUGAGGGAUGUAACAAUGAGUUACUGAGGUCAAUCUCUACCUUCCGUGGUCUUACUCAGCUUAUCUUAUAUGAAGGUGAAGGAAUAACAUCCUUCCCAGAGGGGAUGUUCAAAAACCUUACUUCUCUUCAAUCUCUGUCUAUCAUUAGUUGUAAUGAGUUGGAGUCCUUACCAGAGCAAAAUUGGGAAGGUCUUCAAUCCCUUCGAACUCUACAGAUUUAUAGCUGUGAAGGAUUGCGAUGCUUGCCGGAGGGUAUUCGACACCUCACUUCUCUUGAGCUUCUGACUAUCAUUAAUUGCCCAACAUUAGAGGAACGAUGCAAAGAGGGAACAGGGGAGGAUUGGGACAAGAUAGCUCAUAUUCCAAAUAUACAGUUUAAGUGAUAGAGUUAAUUGAUGUUUAAGAAGCAGAGACGUUUACCCUUAUCUGCCUCAAUCACCAUCGCAAAAUUCAAUUUUACUGGUAAGAUCUCUAUUUCCCCUUAUCUGCCUCAAUUCACUUUAUUUUUAUUCAAAAGUAUUUUUAUAUAUUUCUCAAUCUUGACUUCUUUGGAACCCAUCCCCCAGAAUGAGCACCAGAAUCUUUAUACAUGAAAGAUAUUUCACUGCUCAACUAAAGUUACAAAUGUUCUAAUUCAGGUCAUUUUCUUCAUCAUAGUUUAAUUUUUUUUAAUUUGCAUUUUCGAUUUUUUUUUUUAAUUUUAUUGAUUUUGUUGAGCAUAUUUUAGGAGUGAAGUUUGCUGCUGAAGAUUUCAAUUUCCUUUAACUGAUAUCUCUUUGCUGGUUAUCGUUGGUUUCCAGGUAAACAUAGUUCAUAUCUUAGCGAAUACUUUAAUAUGCAUUUUCUGCCUUAUCAAAUUGAUUGAUUUUAACACACAUAUAGAAACUUUCAGUUUGAUUUGAACAUAUAGAAACUUCAGUCGGCUUUCUUUUUAUUGCAUGCUUCAGGACUUUAUAAUGCUAAUUAGCUUCACACAUCAUAUUUAGAUGUAUGGUAAGAUUUGAUAAAGGAAUUGAGUGUAUUUUGGUCAUACUUACAGGCAAGGGACUGAAUGUAUUUUGGCCUGAAAAAUCAAUCUCCAAAUAAGGCAGUGAACAAUGGUGAUCCAACACAUGAGCUGAACUUAAUUCCAACUAAUAACAGAUGUUGAAAGAGUUAUAUAUAGCUUCUCCUAAGCCUUAGGAGGUUGUCCUUGAUUUUACAAUAUCUACUAGUACUAAUGUUGCUAACAUAAGUGAUUCUUUAUAUUAAUCUCUUUCCCAUUUCUCUAGUGUAGUUUUUUGUUGGUGAGCUUAUAAUCAGACAUUUUGUGUCUUGGUUAUUCCAAACAGUGUACAUACAUUAUUUAUUUAAAAGGGAUAAAUGCUUUUUUGAAUUCAUACUUGAUCAAAUUAUUGCCUUAUGGAAGCUAAAAUCAGUGACUACGAGAUUUUUUUGUCAUUUAUAAAAUUCACUUGUCAACAGAAAUGUAACCAGACAAAGAAUUCAAUAAACAAGGCACAAUGAAAGCGAAAACGAACACUUUCAAAUCUUGCGAAAUCACACACGCAAAUAAAUUGUGGAAGCGAAAACGGACAUGAGUUUGUUAAUCACAUAUGAAAUUUGCCUGGUUAUGUACAAAGGGGAGGGAAAAUUUGGUGAUAAAGUUCAAAAUAUUGGGGUCUCUAGAUUGGACUUGUCUAGUACAAUGAAAGUAGAAACAUUGGUCAUACAAUGUUCUUGCUUAAUUUUUUACUUAAGCAGCAGAAGAUUUUUUAUUUAAUUAACAUGAUUAGGUCUAGUUUUACUCUUUCUAUGUUACCAUACCAACCUCUCUAAUUUUCCCUCUCUAAACUGAUUUAAUUUUUUUUCACAUUAUAAUUAAUUUUUAAUUGAAGUAAAAAAAACAGUACUUUUUUGUGCAUACUAUUCUGUUCUUUUACUUUAUUUUUCGCUUCAAUUCUAAUCCAAUUCAUAUUCAAUUCUAAUUCAAAUAUUUCAUAUCAAAUUAAAAAUCAAACAUUUUGAAUUCAAAUAAUACGGAUUUAAAUCAACUAAUUUAAAUUUAAAUAUUUAAUUUCAGGUAUUAUAUAAUAAAACAAAUAAUAAAAUUUAAAUAUUUUAAUGUCAAAGAGAUCAAAUCAUUGAUAUAUGUCAAAUAAUAAAAAUACGAUUUGAUUAAAAGUAUUGAUAUUGAAAGAAUUUAAUGAAAUGUAAAAUUGUUUCAUUUUUAUAUUCACAAUAAUAAUGUGAGCUAUUAUAAUAUUUUUAAUUUUAAUGAUUGCAAAACAAAUAUGGAAAAGUUAUACUUUUAAUAUAAAAUUUAAUUCAAAAAAAAAAUUGUGCAUUUAAUCUCUUAAAAGUUGCAAAAGUUACACUUUUAAUAUAAAAUUUAAUAUUUGUUUUUUAUCAAUAAUGUUAGAAAAAAAAACACUUAUUAUUCAAACAAUACCGUAUAAUAGUGUUAUAUACAAGUAACAAAGUAAUAAUAAAAAUAUAAUUAUUUAAUAAAAUAUAUUAAUCGAUAUUUCCCUCUGUAACCAAAAAAAAUAUUAACGUGAUACAAACUUCCUAAACAAGUCAUCAAAUUGUAAUAUUUUGAAUAAACAUUAAUUUUUAUGAGAAUAUUUUCCUUAAUGAAUAAUGAUGUCUUCAAAUAAGUCAUUUUAUUAUAAGAUUUUAAAUAAUAAUUAGCUUUGAUGAGAAGAUUAUCCUCAAUGAUAAAUUUUAAUAAUAAUUGUUAUGUACAAUGUAUUUAAUUUUUUAUGAAUAAAUUGAUUAAUUUGUUUACUAACUUUUUUAUUAAAAAAAAUGAAAUAUUUAUGAAUAAAAAUACUUUGAUCUUUUUAAAAAAAUUUAAACCUAAAGACAUUUUUAAAAUAAUUAUAUUAAUCUUUUUUGAAAAAGCGGUUAAUUUCAUUUUAUCAAAAGUUGAUUUAAUUUGGUGAUAUGUCUUUAAUAUCUAAGAUAUGUCUUUUUACCACUAGACUAAACUUUUACAAAUCUAUUACAUUAAUCUAUUAUUUGCUAAUUUUAUUUUUAUUUUUUUUGAUACUUCAUCUUACUCUUAUGUGUGUGUGUGUCAAAUUUUAUCAACUUGUGAUAAAACGAAAUGUGAUAAAAUGAAAUGAAAAGGGUUUCCAAUUUUUUUUACUAAUACUUAUUAGUUUAAUCUUGUUUUUUAUCAAACCUAUUAAUCUAUUGUUCCUGUAUGUUAUUAACAUUAAAAGAGUUUUCUUUUACUUUAUUUUGGAUAUGUAAAUAUUGAUCCAAAUUAUAGUGCAUUAUAUUUGAUUGGAUUUUUUUUCUUCAAAAGAUUCAUCCAAGUCAAAGUUAACCGUGUUUGAUUUUAUAUUUGGAUCAUAUGAUAUUUUGCCUCAAAAACAUUUCGAAUUAGACUUCAAACAAACCUAUAAAUGAUUAUUAUAGUUUUUUAUUUACAGUAAUUUCAAUUUUUUUUUUUUUUUGAAAUCAUUAAAAAAGUAUUGAUUUCUAUAAUCCUAAUGUGCAUUAAUCAUAAUUAAAAAAGAUAUUUUAUCAAAAGAUAAAAGAAUGACAAUUGAAUAUUUAAAUGUUUGAGUUUUAAUUGUUCAAAAAAAAAAUGUUUGAGUUUUAUUAAGGAAAUUAAUACAUAAUAAAAGAGAGUACAACGGGUAGUCUAACUCAUAUUAUACCAUGCAAACCAUCUCCUUCUCCUGAAAAAUAAAAUAAAAAUAUACCUGUUUUUUGUCCUAAAAAAUAACUUUUUUUUUUUUAAAGUAAAAGUGGGAUGAGCACUUUCAAUAUGUCAUUGUUUUUUAAUGAACUGAAGAGAGUUUCAUUGAUGAGAAAAUUAAAAUCAAUCAAUAGUAAAUGACCACUAACAUAGGAAAUACAAUCAUUUAAUUCCUUCGUCGUUUGUAAGAAAAAUCAUUCAAUAAAAAAAAAUUAAAUUUAAGCAAACAUAAGUUUGUGAUCGUCAUGGGUAUAAAAAAAAUUAAUUAUGGAUGAUGAUAACUAUUUAAAAAGAAAUUAAGCAAACAUGCUUCAGCAUCCACGCCUACAGGUGUUCACGGGAUGAGUCGGUUUUCAUUAUAAUCUAUUACCCGAUGCAAUCAAGUUUCAUUAGGUUUGAUCAAUAAAUAAUUACACGUAACUUUAUUUUAAACAAAUCUUAAAAAUAUAUAUAAUUAAAUUACAUUCUAUAUUAUAAAAAUUUCAAGACUUGGACUAGAUUCUACUAAUUAAAAUUUGAACACACUUGAAUUUAAUUGAAACACUUUAAAUCUCUAUGACAUGGACCAGGUAUAUAAUAGUGUGAAACUGGGUCAAUGCGUAGAAGAAACGCGUUGUAUAGCUCAAAUACAAUGUUAAAUGAGCAAGGAUGGAUACAUCGCUGCCUGAAUGCAGUAAAAAAUAAGCAAGGGUCUCCACAUCUUUGUAACAUUCAAUUUAAGGUGUUUUACUCUGAUUAAUUUAUGAAAUUUUUAUGUUGGGAAAACGGGGUGUUACAAUUGGUAUCAGAGCAGGUUGGUCCGUCCGGCCAAGUAGUUGAGUCGUUUGUGUCGUGUGACAGUUAAAUAUUGUCGUUGUGUUUUUCUAAUUAAUAAUUAUGUUUUAUUAUGUGAUCAAGUUGACUGACUAACUUUAAUGUGAUUUUUGUGUAUUGUUGAAGUUUCUAUUUGUUAUCCAUAGUUUAAGAUAUUUAAGCAAUAACUGAAUUUGUUUUCGUUUGUGUUUUGAAUUUCGAGGACGAAAUUAUUUAAGUUGGGGAGAGUUGUAACACCCUAAUUGUUAUUUAAUUAUUUUUAGUUGAUUUAAAGUCUUUCAUAUGAUUUUAAAUGAUUUAUGUUGAUUUUGUGGUGUGGUGUAUUUUAUUAAAUGGCUAUUUUCAUUAUUUAAUAGAAUAAGUGAGAAUUAGGAUUUAAUUGGAGUUUCGGGGUUAAAUGAGAAUUAAUAGAAUUAAGGGGAGUUAAAAGAAAUAAGUGGGAGGUUAUGUUUUACCGAGUUAUUAGAAAAUAGAACCAAGAGUCAGAGAAUCAGUUUUACGUGAAAACAGCAGUUUUGGGAUAAAAUUAGAGAAAGCAAGAGAACCAAGGGAGAGCCAAGUGAACCAGAUUUCUGUUGGAAUUAUUCUUCUGAAUUCAGGUAAGGGUGAGGUUUGCUUCAAUAGUGUAGAUUAUUAUAAUUCUGAUUUUGGUUUAACGUAGUUCUGUUAAAAAUUUGGAAAUUGGGUUUAGGUUUGAUUCUUAGAUUUUUAUAUAUUCUAUUUAAGAAAUUUGAAAUUGUAGUGUGACAUGCCCGUUUGGGUUUUACUCUGAUGUUGAACAAUUAUUAUUUAAUUGAUUUUGGGAAACGGGGUGUUACACUCCACAUCUUUGUAAACGAGUGUGGGUAAUCAAGUUAGUUAAUGAGAGUAUGAUCUGUUUUAGAACAUAGAAUAAAGGUACUCUUAUUUGAACAUAUAUGAAAAUAGUUUUUUUUUUUUUUUUAGAUCACAUAUAUGGAAAUAGUUGACGCUAUGACUAAAAUGAAGAUUAAUUUUAUGUGCCAGCAAAAAACUAUGUGGGUAGGUGAGAAGAUGAGAAGCCAUGAUUGGGAAACAAGGAUCAAGUGGUGACAUUUAAAGGAUCAAAACCAAAGUGUUUUUCUGCAAAAGAUUUUGAAGGAAGGUUGUGUGAAGCUACAUAGAAGUGAAAAUGAUAUGUGGAACAAGAUGACAUAUGAGAUUAGAAAAGUAGCAAAAGAGACACUGGAAGAAUUAAUAGGUUUUGGACCUAGCUAGGAGUAAAAAAUCUUGGUGGAACCAAAGAGUUCAAAUUAAAGUGAGAAUCAAAACAGUACUUCACUAAUAAAAAAAUAGGGAUAAGGGUGAUACACAUUCCAACCUUGAUGACAGGGUUGUUUUCGAGGGGUGUGUUUUUUAGGAUAUAGUAAAGGCUGAUUAGAGUAGUUUAAUAGUUAAAAGGUAACAUUUUUAGGAUAUAGUAAAAAAAAAAAAACUAAGAGUUACUAACUCAACGAUACCAUUCAACAUUUUCUACAUUUUUUAGGAUGAUACGUUUAAAUAUAAAUCUAAUAUUUUUUUCUUUCUCUUCAACGUGCACACAAAUGCAUGCAAAGGUAUUAAUAUUAAUUUCGUUACUUUACAUUUAAUAUACAGAUCUGCGUAUCGGUGACGAUGACUUUAAGAACCUUUGUUUGAUUGAAAUUGAAAUGUUGUUUCAGGAAAACGGAGAGUCGCUUACUGACUUCAAAUCUAUACCCAGGCCAAACGCAGCAGACAUGCCAACUUUCACAAACAAGCUUAUCGUUGAUGAGCUAAAUUACAACAAAGAUGAACUGUAAAAGACACAUGCUGAUAUGUUACUGAUGCUGAUUGAUGAACAAAGAUAUGUGCAUGAAAAGAUCAUGGAGUCUGUUGGUUCUGACGACGAUGGUUUCUUUUUCUUAUAUGGUUACAGUGGUAUUGGAAAAACCUUUAUAUGAAAACAUAGUCGGCUGCUGUUAGAUCGAAGGGGUUAAUUGUAUUGAAUGCUGCAUCUAGCGGUAUAAUGACUCUUCUAUUACCAGGAGGAAGAACCGCACACUCGACGCUGACAGUCCCUAUUGAGAUUAUGAGGCAUCAUCACUUACGAUGGAAAAGGAUAGUCCUAGGGCAGACCUGAUGCGUGCUGCAAAGUUGAUAAUUUGGGAUGAGACUCCAUUGAUGCACUGAUGGUGUUUUGAGGCAGUUGACCGAUCAAUGCGUGAUAUCAUGUCCAAGAUUGAUCCCCUAAACGAGUUUAAACUAUUUGGUGGAAUGACAAUAGUUUUAGGUGGUGAUGUCAGGCAGAUAUUGCAUGUUGUCCGAAAAGGAACGAGGCAGGAUAUUGUUGAUGCAUCAAUCAAUUCAUCAAAGAUAUGUGCUUAUUUUAAUGUGUUAAGACUUACUGUUAAUAUGAGAUUGGGUGCAUCUUUGGUACCUGCAGAGCAGAAAGAAAUUGCUAAUUUUGGCAAGUGGAUACUCUGAAUUGGAGACGGCAACAACGCUUCGGAUGAGAAUGGUGAAAUGAAGGUAGAAAUUCCUGAAGAUUAUUUUUCCAAGAAAGGGGAAUACUCGCACCAACACUUGAUUAAGUUGAACAUGUUAACGAAUAUAUGAUGUCACUGAUUCCAGGUGAAGAGAAAGAGUAUUUAAACUCUGAUUCUGUUUGUCGCUCGGGUGAAAAUUCUGAUGUCCAAAGUGAGUGGUUCACAACGGAAUUCCUUAAUGGUAUUAAGAGCUCUGGAAUUCCAAAUCACCGGUUGAAACUAAAGGUGGGAUGUCCAGUUAUGCUGAUGAGAAACAUCGAUCAGGCCAAUGGACUGUGUAAUGGUACAAGGUUGACAGUUACACAUCUAGGGAAGAGCACAAUAGCUGCUACUGUAAUUACAGGAAAAAGGGCAGGUACCAAGGUAUUCAUUCCCAGGAUGAAUUUUAUUCCGAGUGAUCCAGGACUAUCCUUCAAAUUCAUGCGCAGAUAAUUUCCAUUGACGCUUUGUUUUGCAAUGACAAUAAAUAAAAGUCAGGGUCAAUCUUUAUCUCGAGUGGGAGUUUAUCUUCCUAAACCCGUGUUCACGCAUGGGCAACUCUAUGUCGCUGUCUCUCGAGUUACUUCUAGAAAAGUUUUUUAAAAAGUCUGAUCAUUGGUUAUAUUUUAGAAUUGUUGCUGCUAUAAUUUAGAAAACUAAAGUUGCGCAUUGAUUGAAAGUUGUUGUUGUUUUUUUUUUUUUUUAACUUCUUUGUAAGGCGUACUGGUCAUUAUAGACAUGCAAUUUCUAUAUAAGCGGAUCUUACUGCCAUUGACUAUUAAUUCAUGCAGUUUUCAAGUUUAACAAUCCGCGGAACCUUUUUUUUUACAUCGUUGUUACCCCUAAAAUACAAUAUUUACAUUAGACCAUUUGUUUUGUAAAAAUUAAAAACAAAUAACAAUCGGUGUUUCUGUAGCCCAAACUACAUUUAUACACACCCGUAAAAAUUAAACGUUUGCAUUUACCGACUACGUGUAUGCAUGUGACAAUGACUAUUAUAUAUAAAAAAAUACAUAUUUUUUAGUUUUUAUGAUUAAUAAAAUACAUUUUGUCAACAAAUAUUAUUACACAGUACGUCGGCGUAUUUUUGCAAGAAAAUUACAUAUGCGAAGUUUAACAAUGAAUGCACCUUAUACUAUAAAUAAUUAGUACAAGUAUAAUAAUCCAAAUAUUUUUAUCAUUAUAUGCAAUGUUUAGAUAUUUCAAAAUAUAUACAAAAUUAAGAUGAUAUUUUUUUCAUAUCGAAUUUAAAAUCUAUACAUUUGAUCAAAAAUGUUUUUUAUUUCCCCGUGCUGGCACGGGUCACUAUACUAGUUGUUUGUAAUUAAUCACUCCGUCCUUAUAUCUAGAUACCCAUUUGAUUUUCUUUUUAUCCCUAAAUGUAAGUCCCUUUUCAAAUUAUUAGAUACAUUUUUUUUUCAUAAACAUACCCUAAUUAAUACUACUAACUUGCCUUGAAAUAUGAAAAGUCAAAUUUAAUACACACACAAACAAAGGAAAAUUUGGUAAUAUUAACACACAAAAUAGACACAUUAAGUAAAUUAACAACUUUUCUUCAGAAAUGUGAAAAAAGCAAAGAGGGCUUACACAUAGGGACGAAGGGAAUAAGAAAAAGUUAAUCGUAACCCAUCAAUCUUAUAUAAACUUGGUCCUAUUUAUGAGAAAAAUUCAAAAAAUUGAUGGGUAUAUUUAAUACUCCUUCGGUCCUUAUUGAUCCUAUUUAUGAGGAAAAUUCAAGAAAUUUAUGGGUAUACUAUCUCUGGUUCUUUAUAUAAGAAACAAAACACAUAAAUCGAAACAAAACACAUAAAUCAAAUAGACUAAGGAAACAUUUUGAAAAUAGUUAUUUGCAUUUAAUACUCUUAUAAAUUGACAUGGUGAUGUAUAACGAGGAAGCGUCGACCAUGUUUCUCGCGCGGUUUGAAGCAAAUCAUCGGUUUGUAGGCGGUCGCGAUCUAACAUAUGCUGAAUUUCCAACAAAAUUUACUUAUGAGAAGAAAUAAAAAUAGUGGCAGCCACGUAAACUAGGAUAUCAAACCAAGCAAGUUCUCGGAAUCAAGAGAAUCAAUCAUAGUAUGAAGUAAAAAAUUUGGGAUAAAUAACUUAUUUGAUAUUAUGUGAUUGCUAAUUAAUAUAAAAUUUAAUGGAAAAAAAUUAUGGUCAAUCUUAAAUUUUAAAUUAAAGUUAAAAAUAAGGUAACUAAUUAGUUGUGGAAGUUUCUACUAUAUUUAUAAAUGAUUAUUAUAGUUUUUUAUUUACAGAAAUUUCAAUUUUUAUUGUUUUUAUUAUAGAUUUUUUUAUUAAAGAAAUCAUUAAAAAAAUAUUGAUUUCUAUAAUCCUAAUGUGCAUUAAAUCAGAAUUAAAAAAGAUAUUUUGUGAAAAGAUAAAUAAUGGAUAUUGGAUAUUUAAAUGGAUAUUGUGAACGAUUGUGGGUAAAGAAGUUAGUUAAUGAGAGUAUGAUCUGUUUUAGAACAUGGAAUAAAGGCACCCUUACUUGAACAUAUAUGGAAAUAGUUGACGCUAUCACUAAAAUGAAGAUUAAUUUUAUGUACCAACAAGAAACUAUGUGGGUAGGAGGUGAAAAGACAAAAUAAUUAGAUAGUUCAAGAUCUAAGCAUUGAUAAACCGGAAAAGUUAGAUCGAGAAAUGGUGUAGGCAUUACUGUGGAUAAGGAAUUGAAAAAGGAAAUUGUGGAUGUAAAGAGGAUGUGAGAUUUGAUUGUAUCCCACAAAUUUUUAGUUUAAUAAGACAUCUUUAUUAUUUUUUUUUUUUUAAGGAAAUAAGACAUCUUUAAUGUUAUGAGUGUUUACUCACCUUAGGUAGGUUUGGAAGAAUAUUCUAAAGUUAAAUUUUGGAAGGAUUUGAAAGGUUUAAUUCAAGUAAUACACAAGGAGAAAAUGUUUUUCUAAACCAAGUUGUUUGGGCUCCAGUGGCAAGGAGUUCCUUCCAAGGACGUAUCCGGGGAAUACCGGGUUUGAUUUCUAGGGGGAACAAUGAUUGGCCAGUGCGCAUGCCUCUAUGCAUGAGCUGAAUUAGUCGUCCACCUUAGGUGGGCCGGAAACCGGUGCGAAAGCCAAAAAAAAAAAGAUUUUCUAGGAGGGGAUCUAAAUGGGCAUGUAAGGAGUGUUUGAUAAGUUUUAAAGGCGUGAACAAGGGUAUGGCCGUGGGGACAUAAAUGCAUAGGGUAAUUCCAUCCUAGAUUUUUUGUAGUCUUUUAAUCUUACUUUAGGAAAAUAAAAAGAAAAUUUAUUACAUACAAGAGUGGAAUUUCAUGUUCUCAAAUAUAUUUAUUUCUUAUUAGGAAUUAUGACAGAAAUAUUUGUUUGAAUUUAAUGUUUUACAAAGAGAGAGUUUGACUAUCCAAGAUAUAAUAUUGGUUAUGGAUGUAAGGGUUAAGAUAAGAGCGGAGAUGAGAGGAAAUGAUUGAGAUGCAAGAAUCAAGUGGUGACAUUUAAAGGAUCAAAACCAAAGUGUUUUCCUACAAAAUAUUUUGAAGGAAGGUUGUGUGAAGUUACAUAUAAGCGAAAAUGAUACGUGAAACAAGAUGACAUAUGAGAUUAGAAAAGUAGCAAAAGAGACACUAGAAGAAUUAAUAGGUUUUGGAGCUAGCUAGGAGUAAAGAAUCUUGAGUUCAAAUUAAAGUGAAAAUCAAAAUAGUAUUUCACUAAUAAAAAAUAGGGAUAAGGGUGAUACAUUUGAAGACUAUUACACAUUAAGAAAUUUAGCACAUUCCAACCUUGAUGACAAUGUUGUUUUCGAGGGAUGUGUUUUUUAGGAUAUAAUAAAGUUUGAUAUAGACUCCAAUGAAAAAUAUUUAAUCAGGUCUCACUAACUUUACAUCAUUAAACAAAAAUAAUUUAUUUAUUAAACCUCAUUUAUUUAUUGGUAUAAACUUAAAUUUCAGCCACAUAACAUUACAAAUUUUACAUUCUUUCGUUAAAUAAUAAUAAUAAUUUGCAUGAAUUACAUUACAUUUUAUUUAAAAGAGUUAAAUAUGUUUUUGGUCUCUAUAUUUUACCUUCCUUUAAAAUAUAGUCCCUACAUUUCAAUAAAUAUUUUUAAAAUUCCUAUAUUUUUAUUCCGUUACGACAAAUAGUCCCUACCCUCAAAUCUGUAACGCUUCAACAGUAUUGUUCACUUUCAUCUUCCUGUUCAUGGUUUUCUUCAUCAUAUAUCAUCACUACCAUCUCUUGCUCCUUCUUAGAUCUUCUCUCUACCAACACCACCAACUUAUUACCACAUCACCAAAAACAAAACAGACCCACAAAUUUUCCUAGAAAUUUUGUCAAAGUCUAUCACUCUCCUUUGUUCCUUUAUUUUUUUCCAAACUAGAAAAUCUUCCACCCUGUAAAUUUUGUCCUUCAAUCUUCUUAGCUCCCACUCUCUUUGUUUUCCAAUCCGACCUUGCACAUCAACCGUGGCCAUGUCACAUGCGGCGAUUCCCUGAUUCUGAAACCUCAUUCUAUGGGUGUUGUUGUGUUUCGAUCAUGAAACCUCACUUCCCUUCCUUCAGACUCCUCUCUCUCUCCGCGAUGUUUGUUGUAUCUGUGAGGUUUGAUCGGAAUCGGGAGAGGGUUCAAUGGUGGAAUAAAAUUAGGCAAGAGAGGGGGUGAUGGAGAAUUUAUGAAGUGGGGGGACAGGGAGGAUUACAUAGGUGACUGGGGGGAGGUGCUAUUGAUUGUGUUUGAGGUGUCGUGGAAGAAGAGUUGAUUGAAACCAGUGAGUUAAAGAUCUCUUAUUGUGUGGAAUGGUGGAGGAAUUGAUACCAAUGUGCUAUUAUUGGAUCCAUUAAUCUCUAUGAUAUAACAUGACGAUUGAUGAAUAGUUCUCAAUGGGGAGAAAUAUUUAUGGGUUUAUUGAAGUUGUUGAGAUGAUGAGAGUUUUGGGAAGGAUGAUGAAUUUCUGAGCAGCCACUUGAGGAACAUUUUAUUGUAAUUCACUUGUUUUAUUUUGUUUUUGUUAAAAGGGGUUUUAUUUAAAUUUUUUAUAAUUAAUAAUUGUAAUAAAAUAAAUAUUAGAUUGCCACAUCACCAUUCUGUUUGGUGACUGAGUAUAAUUUAACAGCAGGGACUAUUUAUGCUAACAAAAUAAAAAUGUAGGAAUUUUAAAAAUAUUUAUUGAAAUGUAGGGACUAUUCUUUAAAGGAGGGUAAAAUGUAGGGAUCAAUAACAUAUUUAAACUCUAUUUAAAAUGGGGACAAAUAGAUAAAAUAAUCUUUAAAACAACUAUUAAUUUAAAAAAAAAAAAAAUUAAAACAACUACUCCAUCCGUCCCUUAAUAAGUGACCUAGUUGACCAAAUUACGUAUACCAAUGCGUAAUUUUGAGUUUAAAUAUCUUGAACAAUAUAUUGGAAAAAAUUAUGAAAAUUUGAUAUUUUGAAAAUACUCAUCGAGACGAAUCUAACGAUAUCUUAUAUGAUGUUAUUUAUCUUUGUAUAUUAGUUGAAAAAUACGGUCAAAGUCAGUUAGGUCAAAAUUAAAAAAAUUCCAAAUGGGUCACUUAUUAAGGGACGGAGGGAGUAUUAAUUAUUAAAAUAUUACUUCUUUUGUAAGCGAGCCCACAUAGUACAUAUUUUAUUACUUCUUUUGAACAUGGGACCCGUUAGUUGCUUUGGAGAGAGGGCCCUUAUGCAGUUACCCAUUCCUUAAUAGGGACUCAUUUUUUCUUCCUCCAAUGGAGAUCCUUAAUAGGGAUCCCAUUGGAGAUGCUCUAAAGGAGUCUUUGCAACAUCAAAUUUAAGGUCUCAAUGCCAUUUUUUUUGGUAAUAAAAUGUGGUUAAUAAUAGAAAUCUAAAUUCACGUUAGAACUGAUUAAAGAAAAUCGAUGUUUACACAUAUCGUAAGGAUGAGACAUACAAGUAAAAUACGUAAUUGUUUUUUCAGCAGUUAAAAACAAUUAUGCAGACAGUGAAUUUUGCAUAAUUGUUAAGCAUUUUCAAGCCAUUUUUCGAUCAGUUUUUAUCUGUAAAUAAAUCAGAGCAUUUCCAAAUGCAAUAUAAGCCAUACAACAUUUAAACUCAGUCAUAAAAGAAAAAUACAAUAUCUUUUUGUCCAUAAUUAAAUCAAACCAGCAUUUGGUUCAAAAUACACAAAAGUUUGAAAUUCAUCAAAACGUUACACAGUGUCCAUAAUUAAACAGCACAUUACAACUCAUUACAUAUCAAUAAAUUAAAUCUUUACUUACAUUCAAUGCAAUUGCAUAUGGAAAAAACAUACAUAUAUAAUAUAUUAUUUUCCACAAUAUUCCGAAACAUAAAUACGACGUCGCUAUCGUCUUUAACAAGCCAAGGCAUAUAACUUGCCGUUUUUCAUGCAUAUUCAUCUCUAUCUUCUCCUAGGUCUAUGCAUGACAUUUGACCAAACAAGUGACAUGUAUAUUGAUUUUCACCAAGAUGCUCAAAAUAAGUGUUAAGUUGUGCCUUCAAAUCAUCAAGAAAGUCGGUCGGCGUUAUCAUAACCUUAAUUGUCUUUUUUAAAAGCGGAGUACCUAACAUGACCUUCAAUUUUUGCAACCUCAUACAUGUUUCACUUCACAAAAGCUUUAUGAAAAAAAAUCAUACAUUAGGAUGUAAUUAAACGAAACGUAAUAAUAAUCAAUGAAAUGUACAUAAAAUGCAUAAACAUUAAAAAAUAUGCACUAGUUUCACCACAUAAAAGUCAUAUUAUCAUAUAUUUAUAUAAGUUACAAAAUGUUAUUUAUAUAUUGGCCACAACAAAUUGGUGUUACAAUUUCGACCCAAAAAUACGCGUCGGUGUAAUUUCUACCAAAAAAAGGACUAACACCGACAAGAAAAUCACUCAUUAAAGAUCAAAUGAUUGGGGAAGAUCACGUGAAUUAGAAUCUUCCUCAUCUUCCGCAAUAACUUCAAAUGGUUGCUUUGGUUUUUCGGGAGUGCCCAACAAAAUAGGCGCCGCUUUGUUCGACUCUUUUUGUGGUUUCGGCGGUUUCUUUCCACUUUCAAUAACUACGAGCUUUCGGAACAACUCAUGUUCCCAUGUCACCACAUCUUCUUUCUUAUGAUUGUGUCACUCCGUAGAUGAUGGAGGUAGUUGACAACCAUUCUUCAAAUAAAUAAGCACGAAAUGAUUUGGAAUUACUCCAAGGCACGUGAUUGGAUUGAUCAAGUUUGAUCUUUGUGUAACAGUUAUAAAUCCUGCCUUAUUUGGUUUACGACGUACUCACUCAAACAAUUCUUCCCUAUCUUUCGACUUAACAUCGUCUGGAAAAAAACCUAGCCAUGUCAACUUUGAGGGCAUGAAGUGGGAGGACAUCGGAGGACACAUAAACUCCAUCAAUGUUUGGUUUGGCUUCAACCUUAGGCGGUUUCACAUCUCCGAAAAUUUCGACAAAAUUUGGUUUUGUCUCUCCCGGAACAUCUUCCGUGUUCUCUACCAUUACUAUUAUUAAACAACACAAAAAUAUGAAAUAACAACUAACUAAUGCAUAUACAUCAAUGCCAUAAUGAAUUAAAACAAAAAAAAACAAAGAAUUUUUUUUGGAAAAACUGGCAAUACCGAGGAUUCCGAUGACAGGGUUCUACGUAACUGACGUAGAAACCCAUAACAAACCAAAAAAUAAACUGAUUAAAAUGUUCAAUAGUUGUUUUUUUUUACGUGAAAAGUGUGUUGAUAUCUCCUAUGCUUGAUACUUGAAUGAUUUUGGUGCAAAAUUUGAUGAAAAAAUAUUGAAUUUAAGAAUUGGAUGAAAGUGGUAUGGAAGUUGAUGAUGAAAUAGUAUGUAGGGUGAGCAGGUGACUGUUUCAUUUGAUGAAACAUAUUUCUCAACAGUUAACUACCGAGGUUUUCCUCGACAGUUAACUGCAACCAGUUUUUGAAUUUCUCGACAGUUAAAUGCUAAGGGGGUAAUUACGUAUUUUACUUGUGUGUCUCAGCCUUACGAUACGUGUGAACAACAUUUUCCUAAUUAAAAACAUAGUUUAAGAUAACUUCACGGUAGAACUAAAUGAAAAUCUUGUCACAUGAAAGUAUUUAGCAUAAAUUAAUGUCAAUAUACAAGGUCUAUUUUCUAUAAUAAAAGAGUAAUGAUUACUCCCAUUUGACAAUUCCAUCAUGGGUGGUGGUUGAUGGUGUUCAACCUUAGUGAAGCUUAAUCUUCUCUAUAUUUGUCUACUGACUGGAUGUCCCCACUCCCCAUAUACAAACCAUUUUGAAGAAAAAAUAGACGGGUUAUAGUUCAUCCAUAUUUUGAAAUGAUGGAUUCGAAUUAAUUCUUGCAUUAAUAAAUUAAUAAUCACGGCUCCUUCCGUUUCAAAAUACAUAUUUAAGUCAACAACUUCACAUAUGUCAAUGCACAAUUUUGACUGUUAAUAUAUUUAAUUAUCUGAUGUAAAAAAUUAUAAAUAAAAAUUUAAUAUUUUGAAAAUAUUUGUCGAGACAAAUUAAACAACAUCUUACAUGCUAAUAUUUGUAUUUAUAUAUUAGUUAAAAUGUAUGGUUAAAGUAAAUCAAGUGAAUAGUGCAUAUUGCAAAAAUUGGACAUGUAUUUUGAAACGAGGGAGUAUUUUGUAAAGUGUGUGAGUUAAAUGGAUACUUCCCCCACACCUCAAUUGGAGUUAAGAUCCACUCUAUUUUUUAUUUUCUUUAUUUCUUUAAUUUGGAGAGAUAAAGACACAAAAAAUCUUACAUAUAAUUAAAUUAAAUUAUACCAUCAUUAAUUAAAUUAAUGAGGGUAGAAUUCAUUUAAUGAUGGGACCCACAAUCUAUUUUUUUGUGCCUAUCUCUUUCAUAAUUGCAAUCUCCAUUUUUAUAAUGGAGAGAAUCUCAACUCCCUCAAUUGUCGGCUACCUCCACCCUCCACCUUUCUCUUUCAAUAUCCAAACCCCAUUCCUUUGGAUGUAGCUUUAUUUGGGGUAUUGCGUUCGCGUCUUCAUAGUGUUGUCACCUCACCAUCCACAACCCCUUGUGGGGUAAUUUAAGUAGUUGUCGACGGGUGGUUUACUCUGUCUCUGACAAUUUUAUGUUUGUCAUAUUUAAAACCCUCUUUGUACCGGAUUUUCUCGUGAUUUAGCAAGUUGGUUGCCUAGUCGUGAUGGAGUUAUGGAUCUAGUUAUCCAAAAGGGUAUGUGAAACGGAUGUUGUCAUGUCUAGUGACGUUCUCGUUCUUAGAUUCUUUGAUUUUAUUCAGAUUUGUUGUAAUUUACAAGUUUUAGGUUUGGCGUCUUGAUGGCUUAAUGUGAUUUAUCAAGGGGUUUGUUGGUGUCAUGGUGCGUGAAUCAGUCCAUGUUAGCGGCCAGUUCAUUCCUCGUAGUUCAUAUUGAGAUGUGAAGAGUAAUUGAGAGUGUUAUCUAUGACUCGUCAAUCAACUUUUAUAGAGUGUUAUCUCUGGACACCAUUCUUACUGCUAAUGAGGUGGUUGAUGAGGCAAACAAAUUAAAGAAAGAGUUACUUAUAUUCAAGGUUUACUUCGAAGAGGCACAUAAUUAUGUCAACUGGAAAUAUUUAGAGUCAGUUAUGGAAAAAAUGAAUUUCCCCGUUUUGUGGUUGAAGUGAAUUAUGAAAUUUGUAACUUCUGCAAUGACAUUAAUACUUGUUAAUGAGAGUUCAAAAAAUAAGUUUUCUUUUGGGAGGGGUUAUGACAAGGCAAUCACCUCUCCAUUUUUGUUCUCAAGAAGGGGGAUAUUAGGAAAAGACCUUGGAUUAAUUGGAAUACCAUUAUCUACCUAGGCAAGGAGAACAUAUGUUUAGGGGUGUACAAAUUGCGGGAAUUUAAUUUAGCUUUGUUAGGAAGAUGACGUUGGAGGGUUUGUGUUGAACAUGAUAGUUUGUGACUGAAGGAGGGAGGAUGAGGGAGGCUGGGCGUGGUGAGUCUGUGUGGUGGAGGAAUGUUAAGGGUCUGCAUAGAGGGGAGGGCUUGACAAUAUGAAGAUGAUUUAACGACAACUUGGUGAGGGUGGUGGGAGACGGCACAAGAACGUUUGUGAGAGAUUGAGAAGGUUGUUCGACUAACAGAGAGUUGUUUCGCUACACUAGUAGAUAUGUAUGCGAUAGAUUGACAGUUUGGGGGUGGGGGGGGGGGGGGGGGGGGGGGGGGGGGGGGCUCUGAAAUGACGAUGUCGGUUAUUUGCUCAGGGAGGAAGAGAUGUUGGGGGAAUGUUGUGAGGCUUUAUCUUGCAUUCUUUUACAUGUGGAGUUGGUAUCUUACACCUAACAAAGGUUACGCUGUUAGUGGAGUACACCGAUUGUUGACUGCGGUAGAGUCGAGUACCCGCCAUGAUCUUUAGGAAAUCAUUCAAAAUAAAACAAUACCACCAAAAGUUUCAAUUUUUUCUUGGAAGUUGGGAAAGAAUCGACUUUCUACCAAAGAUAAUCUACUAAAACAUGGUAUUUUCACACAAAUUUAAAUGUUUGUACUAUUGCCUGUGACUUUGAGGAAAAAUUGGAUCACUUGUUCUUGGGAUGUAAGUUUUUUUGAGACCUUGUGUUAUGGGUUUAACCAGUCAGUUGUAUUCUCUUUUUAUGUUUUUUGUUCGUGUAUAUUUUUAACUCUUGUAGUACUUUGUGUUCCUUACACAAUUACACUCCUUGAGUUUGAGAGAACAUAUUUGUAUAUAAUUUCAUUUUGCUUUAUUCACAAAACAUAUACAAUAUAUAUCUUUGUAAUUUUAUUUAAAAAAUAAAUAAAUAAAAUUCACUAACUACUUUUCUUGAUAUAUGUAAAAUAAAAAGUAAAAUGGACUUAUACUAUAAAAAGACAAAAUAUUUAGCGUUUAAUUGUUUUUUUUGUCAAGUAAUAUAUAUAGUUGCUCGAUCUCACACAUUUUAAAUUUGAGGCGUUCGAGGUUUGAACCCCAAUCUCUACAUGUAUUAUACAAUGUUCUUACUAACUGAGUUAAUCUUACCGAUUAAAUUAUUAGUGCAUGAGUUGGAAUUAUAUAAAAUUCUUCCAACUAAGUAAAACAUUUUUUUUAAGGGCACAUGACUUCUUUUUAUUAAUGUAGUUCACAUAAAUUGAGUGCGGACUAAAGUGCAUGAAUAAUAUAAAAUUGGAAAGAUUUAAAGAAUAAUUUAUUUAUAAAUUAAUUCCUAAAUUUUCUGGCUCAAAAGACAAAUUCUUUCAUUUUGUUAAAAAAAUUAAAUUCUUUAUUAUAUGAUAAUUUGCCCGUCUUAAUUUACAAAACUAAUUGUCCUAAUUUAUUAAAAAAAAUUGUCCUAAUUAAGUUCUUGGAUUAAAUAUAAAGUCCAUAUAUCUAUUCCCUUUUUUUAGUUCAUUCUAUAUACACAAUCAAUCUAAUGUUUUGUAAACUACAAGUAAAUCGCAACCAAUCAAAUGAAUGACUAAAAAUAAAAUGAUUAAAGUUUAAUUUCUGUAAUUUUUUCUUUAAAAUUGUAAUUUUUUAUUUUAUUUUUUUAAUUUGUAUAUACCAAUAAUGUAAAAUUAUUUUAUACAUGUAUCCAAUUAAAUCACUUUAUGAUAUCACUAAUUUAAACCCCGACCUUAUAUAUAUAUUAUACAUCGUCUACAACUACACAUUAUAUAUCCUAAUAAUAAAGUUUCAAUUGUUUCAAAAAUAAAUAAAUAAUAAAGUUUCGACAUAAAAUAAUCUCUUCCGAAAAACGUAACGCAAAUUUAAACAUUGGGAUUUGUCAAUUUCCUACGGCUUCAUGAUUAACAUCACCAAAUGACUCAUCUUGCAGUUUUUCUUGCAUAAAAUGCUCUCAUUGACACAAAUGUUAUUCAUGCAAUCAAUUAAUUAAAAUCAUCAUAUGAUAUGGCAUUCAACAUUGUUUUUCUUCUCUGCCUCUUUUCUCAAAUUAUUACUACCACAGUGACAUUGAAAACUUUCUCAGAACCUAUUUCUCCCAAUAUUCUCGAUGUUACUUCAUUAAAUCGAAGUAGUUUUCCUACAAACUUCAUCUUUGGAGCAUCAAACUCGGCAUACCAGGUUUUUUCGGUUUAUUCUUUAUCUAGAUCUUUUUUAUUUUCCGUGGUUAAAAUUGAUAUCGUUUCAAAUAGUUAGUGCAUGUUUGAUUAUGUGGUGAGAUUAAAAAAUUAUGAUGAACCAGAACCACCAUGAUAGUGUAUAGUUUUUGUCAAAAUUCAUCGUGAUUUGACCAAUUUGACCGCUCAACCAAACAUGCUCUUAGUGCCCGUUUGUUUUCGCGCUACAUAAAAAUCAAUCAUGCGUCAAGUUCAAAGCUAGAGUUAAUUCGUAGCUUUUUGUAGUGUAUUGGGAUGUAGUGCAAAAGUGAAUUCAAACAUACACUUAAUAUACUCUAAUCACAUUUUGAAGCAACUUUCUACGUCACAAAUUAAUUUUUUAUUUUUAUUUUUGCUACCAAGACAUGAGUUUUGUUGUGUUCAUUGUAUAUAAACAUGUACAGUACGAAGGUUCUGCAAAGGAAGGUGGCAAAGGAACAAGUAUAUGGGAUACCUUUACUCACAAAUAUCCAGGUUAUCUCUAUCUAUUUACCUUUAGGAAGCUUUUAAAUUAUUUAUUAAAAGCUACUUUGUUUUAUACGAAAUUAAUUAAGCUUCCCACACAAAAAAAAAAAACUCUCAUGUAUAAAUAAUAAAUAUAUAUGUAUACUUUUUAAAAGGAUUGGACAGAAAGAUGACAUUUUUUUGGUCAAGUCCUCUUUCUUUAAUCUUUUUUCCAACUCUUUUAUAAAGUACAAACCAUUCCUAAAGUGAUUUGGUUCGGAUAACAACUUAUGAUUUCAAACCUACAAACUUAAUCAUUUGAAAAACACAUGAGAAUAUCUACUAGUGUUUCAAUUUAGUUAAAAGUGAUUUUAAAUUAUGUAAUUUAGUUCAAAUGUAUGAAUUCUAUUAAAUAGAGUGUCAUUGUUUUUUAAUUUUAAAUUAUAUAUAUGUGUGUCAUGACAUGAUCCGAAUCAAACCAAUUUGUUCAUUACUUUCAUUGGGUUGAUUGCGUAUCAAAAAAAAAGUACAAUUUUUUGAGCCAAUCUGAACUAAUGAUUCUUGACCGAAACUGAGCCAACCCAACCCAACUCAUUUUAUUCGUUGAUCGAAAUAUAUUUUCAAUUUUUUAUAUAAUGUUUGUUUAUUUUUUCUUCCAUAAAACAAAUAAGUUUAUAGGUUUAGUCCUUGUAAUAUAGGCAAUUUUUUUAUUCCCUUAAACUAGAAUUAAACAUUAAUUUGAAAUAAAGAAUAUGUUAAUUAUUGUAAUUUAGGGUUUCUUAAAGAGUAAAAUAUAUUACAAGUACGUAAAAAUAACAACAUUAUUAACUUUUUUAAUCUUGUACUAGAAUAAACUUUUUUUCCCUCAAACUUUAGUUGGGGUAUAUUUAUUUCUUAAGAUCAAAUAAACUAGAAUAUAUUUAAGAGUAAGUAUAUCCCUUAAAAUACAUAUACUAUAAGGAUUAAAACAAAACAACUAGAAUUAAAGUAUGUCAAUGCAUGACUUACAUUUAAUAAAUGGUGAUCGAUAUACAGAAAAAAUAAUCGACAGAAGCAAUGGAGAUGUCUCUAUUGACGGGUAUCAUCGGUACAAGGUAUGAUUCACAUAUCAUUAGCAAAGUGGUUAAACUUAAAACUUUCACUUAAAGCAAAAAUGUCUCAAACAAAUUUUACUUUAGGUUUCACUCAAUGGAUUUUCUACUAAAAUUCUUUAAUAUAUCGAUGUAUUUUAUUUUUAUGUUAUAGAAAAUUUGUUUUAUACAGGAAGAUGUUGGGAUCAUGAAGUAUAUGAAUUUAGAUGCAUAUAGAUUAUCCAUCUCAUGGUCUAGAAUACUACCAAGUAAGUUGAUAAUUUCCCAUCCUUAAACAAUGCAUAUAUCAAGUAAAUUAUUGUAGUCAUAGUAAACUAUAUCCACAUUUAAUCAAAAAAAUAAAAAUAAAACUAUAUUCACAGAUGGAAGGAUAAGUGGAGGCAUUAAUCAAGAAGGGAUCACAUUCUACAACAACUUCAUCAACGAGCUAAUAGCUAAUGGUCACAAAUAUUAAAAUUUGCAUUUUAUAAUUUCUUAAGCAUAGCAUAGUACAUUGCAAUCAUAAUUGAAAAAUUAUUAGUUUUGCAGGUAUAGAAGUAUUUGUGACACUAUUUCAUUGGGAUCUACCACAAGCCUUGGAAGACGAGUAUGGAGGUUUCUUAAGUCCUCGCAUAGUGUAAGCGACGAUGUACUAACGUUAAAACUAUAAUUUAUUUAGAAUUAUAUGAGUAAAUUAAAUUUUCUUCUAAGUUGAAGAAUGCUUUAGAUGUGAAACUAGUAUCUUUUUGUGUGUGCAUGGAGCGGUAAGAAGAGUCUAUAGUGCUACAAAAAGUUUGAUUAUACUUUUACAUUUUGAAUUUUAGAAAUGAUUUUCGGGAUUACGCGGAGCUUUGCUUCAAGGAAUUUGGAGAUAGAGUGAAGUACUGGAUUACGAUAAAUGAGCCAUCCACUUACUGCACAGGUGGAUAUGUUGUUGCGAUAUUUCCACCUGGUAGAUGUUCAGAUUGGCAAAACCUCAACUGCACCGGUGGUGAUUCGGGGACAGAGCCAUAUUUAGUUGCACAUCACCUACUCCUUGCUCAUGCAGCCGCUGUUCAAGUUUACAAGACAAAAUAUCAGGUUCAUUUUAUCUUUGAGUAAUGAUAACUUUGAAGCUCUAAAAUGUACCAAACUUAUGUAUAUUAGUCUUCCUUUCAUCAGUCUUGAGUCUUGACAAGCAGUUUCCUCUAGAUUUUGAAAGCAGGACACAAUCCUUUUGUACCAAGCGCGUCAUAAGGCCUUUAUAUCCUUGUGUCUGCUCAACAAAGUCAGUUUCCUCUACAUCACGAUGUAGAAAAGCACUUUCACAUCUAGUUGAUAAAGGCACCAUCAUUUGAAAGUUGUAAGACCAAUGAUAGUUCUUACUUCUUAUAGUAUAUCCCAUAUAGCAGCAGGGGGAAACAUUUUGCGCUAGACAUCCUUGUAUUACUUGUGUCUAUAGACAAGUUCUCAUAAAUGUUUUUAUCAACUUCAAUACUAAUUGUGCAAGUUUAAUUUACAGGUUCCAUUGUUACUUAAAAGCCAAACUACAUCUCAAAAGGGUUGGAUAGGAAUAGCCUUACAAUCUUACUGGUUUGUGCCGUUUUCAAAUAGCAAAUCCGAUGAAAGAGCUGCAGAACGAGCAAUUGACUUCAUGCUUGGAUGGUUAGUAGCUCAUUGCACACUCGCUCUAUAUAUGAAAUUAUGAACUUAACAUCACUUGAUUAUAUUAAAAAGAAAAAACAAAUGGAGCAUGAUUUACUAAAGCAUUUUCAUUUUUCAUUCAUCUAUCAAAGUAUGAAGUAUUGUUAAUUAUUAAUGUUAUUAUUAUGAAACUCUCAAUACCCUCGUCGUUUUUUGGGUGCAUCCUAUCCUGCACCACCACGAUGUAUUGUAAUUUAAAAAAUUAUAUUAUAAAGUUUUGAAAAUUGAAUAAACACAUAUCCUCAAUUCUAGUAAGGUAUUGCAAGUGUGACAACGGGAGACAAUAUGUGCCCGCGUGCACACACACAGCACCAUAAGAAAGCUAAAAAACAUUCUAUUGAAAUCUCUAUUUCAGGUUUAUGACACCAUUGACAACAGGAGACUAUCCACAACAUAUGCGAUCCUUGGUUGGACAACGAUUGCCAAAGUUCUCUGAAGAACAAACCAGGCUACUCAACGGUUCUUUUGAUUUUAUUGGAUUAAACCACUACACAUCUCGAUAUGCAGCCAAUGCACCUAAUUUAAACACUACUAUACCUUGCUAUCUCACAGAUUCCCUUGCCAAUCUUACAAGUAAACACACCUUUAUUCAUCACUUAUAUCAUAAUGAAUUUUAACUAAUAAUUUAAAUCUUUGUUGAAUUUGACGACGAUCUCUCUUAUUUUUUGUAAUGGAAGCUGAACGUAACGGGAUACCCAUAGGUCCACAGGUACGUACAAGUGCGACCAAAUCAAAUGAAGUUUAUCUUUCUGCUAAAAUAAAAAUAUGAAACCUCCAUGAUUAUAUAUAUCUGCAGGCUGCUUCAGAUUGGUUUUACAGUUAUCCAAUUGGAUUUAAGAAACUGUUGGUCUACAUCAAGGAAAAGUACAAGAAUCCAUUGAUUUAUGUUACCGAAAAUGGUAAAUUACAACAAUCCUCGAUAAAUAUUGCAAAGUAAAUCUAUGAAUGAACAUGAAUAUGUGAACUAGUUAUUUGCUUAGGUGCAUCACACACACACACAUAUCAUAUACAAGCAUAUGGAUAAUGGACUUACCUUCAUGUACAAGAAAUUUUUCCUCACAUACUUGGCUUGAUUUGCAGGUAUAGAUGAGAAAAAUGAUCCAACACUGCCAUUGGAGGAAGCGCUUAAGGACAUUGACAGAAUUCAUUAUUAUCAGGACCAUCUCUCAUAUCUUCAAUCAGCAAUUAGGUAAUGGUUGUUUUUAUAUCUAAAAAUUCUGUCUAUUUGCUUCAAUACACAUCUUAAUACUUUCUAUUUUGUUUUGUUUUUUGUUAAUAUAUAAGGAUCGGCGUAAAUGUAAAAGGAUAUUUUGCGUGGUCGCUAUUGGACAAUUUUGAAUGGGGUGAAGGGUACACAGUGAGGUUUGGAAUGAACUUUGUAGAUUACAACAAUGACUUGAAAAGAUAUCAAAAGCUCUCAGCACAAUGGUUCAAGAAUUUUCUGAAGAGACUUUAAUUAGACUUUCUGAUAUUUAUAUGCAUGUCUCUCUUUGUAAUGGUAUUUAAAAAAGAAACAUAAAUGAAGUAGUUACAUAUGAUUGUUCAUUUUCUAAAGAAAUUAUGCGAUUCUAUAAAUCAUGGCUUUUGUGUAUAUUUAGUCUUUUCUCUUGUUAUGUUUCAAUAAUAACCUUGCCACACCCUUUACAACCCUUACCAUGACCACACUGACAUUUAGAUGUUAUAAGAAUCUUUGGUAAUCUAUCUUGGAAAAGCCUCUGAAAGAAUCAUGAUUCAUAUCGAAGAAUAUUCUUCAUUGCUUUGAAAGUCCACCCUAUCAACUAAGUUUCGAAGACCUACUAGCAACUCCUCCUCCCACUUAAUCACCAUUCACCACUGACACGACCAACACCAGACGCCGUCCCUCUAGCUUACAAUCUCAGCCACAGUUGCUUGCUUCUUUGUUUUCGGCCAUUUGAAAUAGUCGGGGAUACAUCACUCUAAAGCCUGUUCUCUCAAUCCAUUGAUCCUGCAAAAAACAUCAUUAAGGUUAGUUUACCUCCCAAAGAUAUGUGUCUCCCUUUCCAAGCCCUUAUACUCCUUAAAUUUUCCGUUCGCCACAACUUUCGUAACCAGCCUAUAUAAGCCUUCUAUGAUCGAUGCGAAUGCAAAAGGGACAAGUGGAUCUCCCUGUCUAAAGUCCCGCUUGAUUCGACUAUCAUCAAUAGGGCUACCAUUAACUAGUAUAGACACAUGGCUGCCGAAAAUGCAUGACAUAAUCCACUUCCUCCAUGCAUCACAAAAACUCUAUCUAGCAAGCACAUAUUCAAGAAACUUCGAACUAACUAAUAAUAUUUUUGUUGUCCUACCACUAAAAUGGUAAAAGGCUACAGAGAUUUGCAUAGCACAAACUCUGGUACGUGGAUACAGACGCAUCGACACUCCUAAUGUCAAAAAUGCCUAUUAAGCAAGAAUGAUAAAUGACCUUUAACAACACCCUCUUCAUUCCUCCUUACUCCUUCAAUAAUUACCUACAAUUUCAUCAACCUAGUAUAUAGAUUAAGAUUUUGUGAUUAUCAGAAGAAAAAUGAAAAAUCUAUAACUAAAAGCAUAAACACAAGAAUUUAUACUCGAGUUCUAUAACUUACAUAUUAAUAGGCUUUAAUUGGAAACUAAAACACAAAUCCGUUGUAGUCUAGUUGGUCAGGAUAUUCGGCUCUCACCCGAAAGACCCGGGUUCAAGUCCCGGCAACGGAAUCUUUUUUUAUUUAUUUAUAAUUUCUCUUUUUUUUUUUUCCUCGAAGGACUCUGUUUCUUUUAAAUAUUUCCAAUUUUGUAAAUACAUCACGAAAAUGGUAAGUUGGUGCCAAUGGAAUACUACUACCACCCCUCACAAUAUCUGCAGUGCCAAACUUUUGAAAAAUUCUUAUUUUUAUAAAAUACACAUUAAAUUCUUUUAAGUUUUUUAGGACUGAGUUCAGAUAAUUUUUUCUGCAUUGUGAGUUUAUGCUUAUUCAAACUUGAUUUUGUUUAGACAAAAGUAAUUUUAGAACUAAAAAAUUGAUUUUAAUAUGUUUGAUUAUUUUCAAAUAAAAUCAAUUUUGUCUUGAAUUAAUCUCUAAAGUUAAUUUGUAAGCUCAACUUUCUUUUUCAUUUAAGUAUUUAAAUAUAAAUUACUUAUAUUCAACUUACUUUUAAUCAAAAUCAAUUCAUUCAACAUGUGAAAUACGGGGUUAAGUAGAUGUUUUCAAGACAAUGAAAAAGUUGAUAACCGCUUUGAGUAAAUACAAAUAAUAACAUAUCUGAAUUUUAUUUAUUAUUGUCAUUUUGAAAAGAACAAAAACACUUUGGAACUAUUUGUCAAAUUGUUAAAAUAUAACAAUAUAUGCGGUAAUAGUAAGCGUGACAUGAGCUUGAAACAUGUAGCAUAUAUAAAUUUGUUACAAAAGACAAUUUCAUUCAAAGGUGUAGUAGCAACUAGAACCUCAAAAACUACUAAAUCUAAAUCAGCAGUAUCUUAUAUGUACAGUAACUUGAAAGAUCGGUAUGAAGUUCAGUAUUGUAUCCAAUAUUACAAAGAGUGGGCUUGCAUGGCGAAUCAAACCUUAACCUCCAAGUUAUAGCUUCAAACACACUGUGCUUAGGUGAAAUUGUCACCGCGGUUUCAAACACACUAAAACUUAAUGGUCUAUCAAGCCUAUAGCAAUCCCUAAAUAACAUGAUACUUGUUCCAUCACUGUCUCUUUUACGGCUUUAUUAUCUGAAAUUUGAUCAGUACCAGCAAUCUACCUCUUCUACUUGCACUGCUGGCAAAUUCCACUUCUUUGGAGGCCCUGAGGCCUUUGGAGAUCCAACAAAAUUAUGCACAUCAAGUUUCUCAAGUUCUACAGAGAUCGUACGACCAUAAAAACUCUGCAGAUAAAGGAUAAAAAACAUUAAAAAGAUAGCAUUCAGUUGUCAAAGUUGAUAAUCAAAAGAUAGGGCAUGCCAUUAAAAUCUGAACCUGUUGAUCCAUUGUUUCAAGUGCAAGCAUGGCAUCGUCUUGACAUGUGUAUUGAAUAAAAGCAAGUCCCUUUGAUCUUUCUGUGCUUACAUCUUUAACCAUUUGGACUGGAGCACACACCAAAUAAAUGGCACAGGUGUGAGCCAAAGUACUAAAAUCAGUUAUGCACCAUAUUUUAAGUGCUGCUAUAUCGAAGUAUGAGAAAAUUCAUGCACUUACCUUCAGCUAUCUUGCCAAAAUUUGAAAAUUUCUUCUGCAAAGCAUUCUCGCCAGUAAAAUAGGGUAGAUCUGUCUCCAAAGAAGAGCAGGUAGGACUUCAUAAAAAAAUGGUAAAUAAAAGAAAGAAAUAUCCCUUCCAAAAAAAUAAAACAAAAUGCUCCAUAGUCCAUAGCAUCCAGAUAUCAGGAGAGAAUAUUAAAAGGAUAUGAAAGACUGAUCACAGAUCAAAAUGAAGAACUACAUAAUGUAAAGAAAAUUCUCCACACUCAACAAUCAGCCAGAUUUGUGAAAACAGAAACUAGUCAAUCCACAAGUGUUUUUUUAUCUACAUCAAGUUAAUAAGAUAAUCCACAAGAAAAGUUUUUUUUGUAGAUAUCUGGAUGAAGCUUAGUGCUUUGGAACAAAAGGCAUCAAGUGUGUUAGUGGAAGUCCAUAAUUUCGAAUUCAAAAGCAUGUAAUAUGACAGAUAAGUGAACGUCAAUUUUGUAAAAAAUCAAAAUGUAGUUGGCACAAUCAUCUUAGAGAAGAUGAAUGCAAUAUUGCCAAUUUUCCAUCCAAAUGAUUGUGCAGUUGGCACCUUCGGAUUUUCAUUUAUCAGUUACGGACAUUGUAAAAUGACUUUUUUUUUCAUUAUUAUACUGGAACUUAUUUCCAUUACCAUACAGGAAAGAGGAACAAGAACCCAUCUAAACAGAGAAAACAAGUUGUUAAAGAGUCUCACAUUGGAUGAGAUAUGACCUGACUAUGUGUUAAAAGUGGGAGCAGUCCUCACCUUACAAGCCGGCUUUGUAAGGUUGAGUUAGGCCCAAACCAAAUUCUAAGACAAGCAUAUAUAACAAGAACCAAAAAAAGCAUAAUAUUGGCUUAAAAAGGCUCUUAAAUCACUUUUCACUUCUAACAAGAAUACCCUUCUCCUCUACUGCCCAAGAAAAAAAUGACUUAACCUACAUAGAUGCAACAGAAACACAUCUAUCCUAAAGAUGUUGCAACAUGUUUUCAAAAGCGUGCUUUAGCAGAGCAGACAUGUCUUAAUACUACAUAGACCGCUACAGACAUGCACUAGCUGAGCAGUUUAGUUAACUCUAUGAUUUCAAAAUAGCUGCCAUCCCGUUAUCUGCUAUCUCACUAUAGCAUUUUUUGGGUUGACCGCUACACUGCUCUAUAUGGGAUUGAUAACACCGGUUAUAGAUAGAAAUUUCUGAAUGAAAAUUCAGUAGUUGCAUGCAAGCUGCAAUCCAAACCAGUAGAGAUAGCACAGUACACGCCUUCAUCACAAGAAAGAAUCUGACAGGAAGGAAGCUUCCCUUACAAGGGAAGAGCAAAUACUACUCAGAGAAUGCAAUUCAAAAUAUUAUAAAUGAUGGUCUGCCUGCGGCAGCGUAGCAUUCUUCUUAUGUAUAUCUAAUGUGUUAAGUAAAAGCAUUGAAGAGAGCAAAUGGUGAAAUGAGGAUUUUCGUGAUGCAAAUAAGCAAAUUAGAAAGAAAAAGGUAAAUCAGACCAAUAGAGCUUCAAAUUCCUAGUCCUAACUAAUAAACUAACGAAAAACCACGCAUCGAGGCUAGGCUGGUGAUACCCAUUCACAAAAGUGGUUAGUAUUAUUUUGUAUGUGAGAUUUGUCUCUGGGCUAGGAGCAAUUGUUCUUGAUAAGGAGUUCAUUGGAUUGAACUCUUGUUUUCUCUUAUUGUUUCUGUUUUUCACCAUUGUAGAGCUUGAAGCUCACCAUUUCCCAAUUCAAUAACAAUUGUUCUAUCACGCUAGUACGAUUCAACACUUGUAACAAUGAAAACAACAAUGGAUCAACUCCUAAUAUAAUGUAUUCCCUAUAGAUUACAUUCAACACUUGUAACAUUGAAAACAACAAUGGAUCAAAUAAAGAAAUUGAAAACAGCUUGAAGGGUAGAAAAUUAUGAGAAAAUAAGAGAGUGAGAGAGUUACUUACUUUUAACAAGGAUUUUGCUAGCAAGCGGAUAUUCGUGUCGCAUAGAUAAUGAUGAUCUGAGGAGGUUUAGACGAGAACGGUUUGGUGGUGUGUAGUAAGGGAAUGAAGCCAACCCCAAAAUCUUUGUCUCCAUCAAAACUAAAACCAAGCAACCUCGUAUUCGUCGUCGUCUCUGUGUCAGAAAAUAAUCCCAACUCCUUUUUGACUUUUCAAUUGUUGGAUUUAGACUGGUUGGUUGCUUCCGUUUUCGGUAGAAAAAAUAAAUUAUACUACCUCAUUUAUUUUUUAAUUGUUACAUUUUAACAUUUUACACAAACUAAGACAAUCAAUAAAUGUUACUAUUUUUGAUAUAAUAAUUUUUAUUUUUACUAUAAUAACCUUAUUUAUUUAAUAUCUCCACAAUAAUAAAUAAGGGUAAUAUUAGUAAAAUAACAUUUAAUGUUGCAUUGAUCUAUGUAAAGUGACACUUAAAUAAGAACAAAAAAAUUCUUUAAAAGAGACACUUAAAAAGGAACGGAGGGAGUAGUCUUCCAUAGAAAAUUGUGGGUUUAAAUACUUGGGAUUGUCUAUUGCGGAUGAUCCUAAGAAGCUCCAAACUUAGGUGAUUGUAUUGUGCUUUUAAAGUCUAUCUUGUCGGUUGUGCCAAUUUACUUCUUAUUUUCUUCAAGGAACCAUCAAGUAAUAUUUCUCUUAUUGAAUCUUCAUUUGAUUUUUUUUUAGGGGAGAGUGAGGAUGCAAGGAAAAUCCACUAGGUGAAAUGAGAUAGAGUGUUGAAACCAAAAGAUACGGGAGGUUUAGGUCUAAGAGAUCUGAAAUUUUUUAAUUUAGCUCUCUUAGAAAAAUUGUGAUGGAGGUUGAAAAUUGAACUAAACUGGAUGGACUCAGUGUUUUUCGGAUGGUUGAAUUUUUUUUUUUUUUUUCUUAACACAGUCUCGAUGGUUGGAUAAACUCUCAAAAAAAAUUUGGGUCGUAUUUGACUUCCGGUAUACAUUUUACCGAAAUCUCACAAUGGACGCCGAUGGUCAUGUAUGAUCAAGUCGGGUGUACCUCAUGAACAAGAUGUGUGGUAUUCAAGCCAAUGAUUUGAUCUAUCGCGACUCGUCGUAUGCUCUUUCUCGAAGCAGAUGGGGGGAUUUGUUCAACAAAAGGCCCCAUAAGACUGUGUAAAGUGAUCAUACCUUGGGUGAUACCCCUAUUUAUAAUGUUGUAUUCUAUUGAUACACUCCUUGUUAUUUUUAUAUUUUCUCCUUUAAUUUGUUCAACUUGUAACAAAAUUAAUAUGGUUUACUUUGAGCAACUGAUUUCAAAAUAGAUGUGAUGUCUAUCCUCUUUGAAUGAGAUACAUGUUAGUAGGAAAAACCCAACAAUUAUCUUAUAGUUUGUCGGCACUUAAGGUAGUAGAGCACGUUGGUCCUUAGUUUGUUCAUGAAGUGGGAUUAAGGUGAUCCCUGAGACGAUGUAGGAGACAUAGUUUUGUGUUGCACGUUAGUAAUCGAUUAACGUUUUUGGAUAAUUCACUCUAAUAUAAUGUUCACAAACAAAAAUUAUAAAGAUAUUAUUUGGGUGAAAGUUUGUGUGCAUGAAUGUAGAAUAUUUUGGUGAUAAGAAAUGCUAGAAAUCUUACAUUGAGUAGAUAAAAAUAUUCAAUGUGAUAUUUUUCAAUUUAAUAAACUGAUCUCUUGUGAUAGAAUCUCUUCGCGUAUUUAAAUUGUGACAGUUGAUGUUUUUGCUAAGAAUUGAGUCACAAAAAAUCAAAAAUAGCAACCUACAUAGUAUUUGCUACGUAGGCUUUUACACAGAUGGCUAUGACAGAUAAAAUUGUUAAAUGUGACAUUUAAAUCAUAAGUCUAUUAUUUUUCUUCAAAAAAAAGUCACAAGUCUCUUCAACCUAAUAUAUUAAUCUUUUAAGGUUAAACUCUUUAAAUGAGAUUAAACCCUAAUAUAAAAAAGAGAAUUGUUUUUUGUAAUAGAGAUAUUUUAUGAAAAAUUUGUAAUAAUAUGAUGAAAAAGAAAUUAAGACAGAACAAAGAAAUGUUGAUAAGAACAUGAGAAUUGAGAUGUGAGAUGAGAUGGCAACGGUUAUGAUGCCAAAUAAGCCAAAUAUUAAAGAACGUGUACGUGUCUGUUGUCCUCACUCUCCUUCCUUCCUUCCAACGGUAAACUUCACAGAACCUGCUCUUGCUAUCUCAAUCACCAGAUGGGCCCCACAUUUUCAUAGCUGGUCCAAUCUUAUUCAUCAAUACAAAGAAAAGAAAUCAAAAUCUUAAUCAGCAAGGAGGAAAUUAUUGGGGCACUUGCACAGUGGUUUAAGUCAAAGAUCAAAAUCAUAAAACACUCUUUCAACACCGAUAUAGUACACUAUUUUUAUUUAUUCUUUUAUUCAUUCACACAUAUCCUAAGACCAAAUUUUCUAUUUUAUUUUUACAACUUUCUCCAGCUUUAACUACCUUCAUGUCCCAAGUUACAUUCUUACCCUCCACUUUCAUUUACAUGAUUCAUUUUUAGUGAUCACACGUUAUUAGAGUCAACAUUCAAAUUACUACAUUUUAAUGCAAGUUAAUGUUAAUGACCCCUUUAAUAAUUGAAGAAAGUCAUGCUUUACUAUUCAAAUUGAAAUUUAUGAAAUGUUAACUAGUGUUUUCGAAACACUCUUUAAGAAUUUUGGCAAAAUUACACAAUUAGUCCCUUAACUUUAUUUUAGGUAACACUUUCGUCUUUUAUCUUUUUUUUGUCACGAUUUAGUCAUUUAUGUUAUAAAAUAACAACAUAGUUAUCUUUUUUAUGAAAAAAAUAAUCAAAAACUCCAAAAAAAAAAUCAUCAAACUCAUAGGCAAACGUAAAUCUUCAUCAUACAAGCAUAUAAAAUCAAAUUUCUUUGAAAAAAAAUUUCAUAAAAAAUGAUAAGAUAUUGUCAUUUUAUAACAUAAAGGACUAAAUCGUGACAAAAAAAGAUAAAGGACGAAAGUGUUGCCUAAAAUAAAGUUAAGGGACUAAUUGUGUAAUUUUGCCAAUAAUCUUUGAAGAUAAAUUUUUAUUAAAAUCUGUGUAAUCAAGACAUUGAAAUUUAUAAAUUUGACUUUUAUAAAAAAUACUUUUUAAAUUAAAAAUCCUUAAAGAGUGCGGAUAUUCGUUUUUUUGACAAAAACAAGGAUAUUCGUUAACAAGACCCUUGAAAUUUACGGUAUGUUAAGAUUUCUCAAAUUAAAAAUUAUACUAUGUGCAUGUUUGAAUUUCCAAUAUUUACGUUUAUGACGUAUGAUUUGAGUGAAAGUAUAUUUUAAAAUGAUAGACAAAUAUAUGAUAAAUGUGAGUAGUUGUUCUUUAAAAUAUGAACUAAAGAGUUCCUUUUUUUUUUUUUUUUUUGGUACAAAAACUAAAGAGUUCCUUAAUCCUUUUAUUAAUGUUUUUGGAGCUAAAACUAUGGAAACAGAUCUUUGCAUAACUUUUAUUUUAACAACAGGAAAACAAAUAUUUUAACAAAUAUAUAUACGGUCAUUAUUAUAAGUAAAAAUUAACAUUUUAGAUUCAUUUAUUAAAUAAUGUAUGUGAUUUAUAAUAAAGACCAUAUACAAUAUUAAUUAAAUGAAUCUAAAAUAUAAUUUUUUGCUUAUAAUAGCAACUGGAGGGUGUACUUUUUUAGAGAUUAAUUAAUAUAAAUUCGUGUAGAAUCUCUUGAUAGAAUCUCUCCCUCUCCAACAAGUCGGCCCUAGUUUUCUCUAUCUAGGUUUUCUCUUACAAUUUCUUCAUUGAGGGGUGGUUUUGGGUCAAUAUUUGACCUGAAAUCACCCCUCUUCAUCUUUUUCUCUUUAUUUCAAUCUAAAUAAGUGAUUUUCACAUAGAUCUAGGUUUUUUUUCUUUGUAAUUUCAUCAUCUAAGUGUGGUGAUUUGUUGUUCGUCAUCUUGUGCGGCGUUGUUUGAUUUCCCAUCUUCGUGCGGUGUUCAUUUAAUUCAUAUUGAAAGAUCGAUUGUUCAAUCAAAGAUUUGGACGUCAACAUUGCAGAUUCAUCCCUUACGUUUUUAGCGGUGUUUAAUGAUGUAAUCUCUCUAUUUGAAUGAAUGAAUAUCAUUUUGUUUUUGUCAAAAAAAUUAAUAUAAAUUCGUGUAAAAAAUUUAGUUGACCAUCCGAUAAAUAUUAAUUGAAAAGAUAUGAUGAGAUAACUUCCAAAAAUAAUAUAAAUAUAUAAUCAUAUAUUAUUAUUUUAUUUAUACUUGUGAUGGACAUCAAUUAAAUUUUUGUUUCCUUCAAAAAAAAUCAAUUAAAUUUUUGCUGCCCUAAUACUUAUAACCGAAUCUUUGACCGAUAAUCAUAUAUUUUUUUAUCCAACAUGAUAUUUCAAGAUAUUUCAACAAUUUGUAAAAGAAAAGGAAAGAUAUUUUAACAAAUUUAUGUAAUAAUAAUCACCAAUAUAUUUUGUCAAAAAAAUAAAUAAAUAAUCACCAAUAUAUAUAUAUUAUUGGGAAGAAGCUAUUUUAAGAAAAAUUUAUAUGAUGAAAUUUUGUCAAAGAAAAAAAUAGUUAGAUAACCAUAAAUUAUUAUAUUUUUUGUGUAAAAAUUUUAAAUUAUUAAUUUUUUACUUGUGAAUGCAUACCAAUUAAAUUUUAUCUUUUCUUUCCCUAAGUACACAUAAAACGAAUCUUUGACCAAUUUCCACAUACUCCAUAUGAAGAAGAUAGAUAUGUCAUUCAAGUAGUAAGCAAAGGGCAAAAUCGAAGUUUCCAUAGCAUGGUCAAAGAACGUUUUAAAAAUUGACUUGGAAGAAAGAAAGAAAGAAACUAAAACUAUAGCUGUGAUUUAGUAGCAAAAUUCACAUCACAAAUAACACGCAAAUCAAAUUAACAAUUAAAUUAAAUGGGUCCCACAUUUUCUUUCCUUUAAAUAGCAAUUCUUCAUCCUCCUCAUAACACUUAUUCAUUCAACGGUACGAAAAAAAAAAAAAACAUAAACACACGAACAAACAAAGACCAAUUCCAACGUUAAAUUAUUUGACUCAAACAAAACAAAAAACCUUAAUCAUCGUGAACAACAACAAUAACCUUAAACAUGUCUUGCUCCGUCGCGGUUUCGAAUUCGCCGGUGUUUUCACCUUCUUCAUCUCUCUUCUGCAACAAAUCUGAAACGUUAACGUUAUCUCUUUCUCAUCUCAAACCAUCUUCAACAACAACAACAACGUCUUCAUCGUCUUCUUCUUCGCCUUCUCCUUGUUCUUCACCUUCUUCACCUUUUUGUCUUCGGUUACCGAAACUACCCUUGGUUUUUACGUCUAACAAGGAUUCUGGGUCGCAGAAUGAUGCUGUUUUGAAGAGGAAACGACCUACCAGGCUUAAUAUACCUGUUUCUGAACAUGCUUUUUGUGUUCCGGCGACGCCUUCUGCGGUGGCGAGGGAUGUUGUUGAGGCGGAGGGAGAUGGGUAUUCUGUUUAUUGUAAGAGAGGGAGGAGGGAGUAUAUGGAAGAUCGUUAUACAGCUGGGGUUAAUCUUCGUGGUGAAAACAAUUUGGUAAGAAAUUUUUUAACCUUUUUAUUUAUUUUUAAUAGAAUAUAUAAUAUUUAUUUGGUUGGUUUUGAUGUUGAUAUGUUUUUGUCAAUUGGGUUUGUUGAAAGUUUCAAACUUGAUUUCUUAAUUGAUUUGGGUCUUAUUGGAUCUAAUUGUUUGCAGAAUUUCAAUAUUUUGUUCUUUUUUUGGUCUGAUUUGGUAGCUGCAUAUGGAAAAUUUGAGAUUAAUUUAUGUAGUUGAAAAAGUCAAUUUUAAGCUGCUAGGAUUUUUUUGAAUUGUUGCUUUUGAAGUUAAAAAGUUUGUCUUAGUAAUUAGCCAUUAGUUAAAUUUGAAUUUUGUAGAUAGUUGAAACAAAUUAGGAACAUAUGAUUAUGCAUUUAAUGUUUAAUUGAGAUUUGAUGUAUAUGCUUGCUUGUUCUUGUUGUUGUUGAUGACUUGGACUUAUAUUAGAUUUGAUUGUGUAAAAUCUAACUUGUACAAGUUUAUUUUGUGGUAAUUGCAGGCUUUUUUUGGCGUAUUUGAUGGACAUGGAGGUGCCAAAGCCGCUGAAUUUGCGGCAAACAACUUAGAAAAGAACAUCUUGGACGAAGUUAUCAUGAGCGACAAAGAUGAUGUUGAGGAGGCAGUGAAGCGCGGUUACCUCAAUACCGAUUCUGAGUUCAUGAAAAAAGAUCUACAUGGUGGUUCUUGUUGUGUGACAGCAUUCAUUAGGAAUGGUAACUUAGUUGUGUCUAAUGCUGGUGAUUGCCGUGCUGUUAUUAGUAGAGGAGGGGUUGCUGAGGCACUAACAUCUGAUCACCGUCCUUCAAGGGAAGACGAAAAGGACAGAAUUGAGACCCUGGUAAAUUUUCUUACCAUUGUAUUGGCUUCUCUUUUUAUUUAUGUUUUUUUGAAACCUUGUGUUUGAGUUUGGUUCUUAAUCUUAUGCAUUGAAAUUUGUCUUGCAGGGUGGUUAUGUUGAUUUAUGUCGCGGUGUUUGGAGGAUUCAAGGAUCUCUUGCUGUAUCAAGAGGAAUUGGAGACCGACACUUGAAACAAUGGGUGACAGCGGAGCCCGAGACUAAAGUUAUUAGAAUUGAACCUGAACAUGACUUGUUAAUAUUAGCUUCAGAUGGAUUAUGGGAUAAGGUAAUACUUCAAAAUUUCAUUGCGAUGUUAUUGUAUGUGUAUUCGGCGUUUGUCAAACAUGAUUUUGAUUGGAAUGUUUGUCUAAUGUCAAACUCGUGCUAAUCCAAACGCAUUCAAAUCAUGUUUGACAAAGAUAAAAUCAAUUAUGAUGAUUUUCGCACUUUUCUUUUGAUAUUGAAUGAUUAACUGAUCAAGUUUCUUUUUAUCAUUUCAGGUUAGUAAUCAGGAAGCAGUAGACAUUGCUCGUCAAUUUUGCGUAGGAAAUAACAACCAACAACCAUUGAUGGCCUGUAAAAAGCUUGCAAAGUUGUCUGUUUCAAGAGGCUCUUUGGAUGAUACCAGUGUCAUGAUAAUCAAAUUGAAACACUAUGUUUAGAGGUUCAUUGGUAGAACAGAAGAAGAUGGUGGUGCCUGAUGAUUAGAAAUUAGCCUAUUCUUUUCUGUAUAUAUAUUAAUUAUUAUUGAUUAAUUUUAUCUGACGACAUUUAUUGGUGAAUUUUUGUACCCGUAGAUGGGUGAGUAGAGAUUAACAAAGCCAUUUAGCCAUUUGUUUAGUAGAAUAUUUAUCUAAUAAUCAUGUAAUAACUUUAUAGAUUAUCUAAUUAUUUCGGUAAUAAUUCAUUCAUUCUUUUAUAUUGGAUAUAACAAAUUUGUGAUAGUUUAUAGUUUCACUUUUUUGAUGCAUGGAAUGAUUGCAUAGUUCCAUAGAAUUCAAUGAAUCACUUUUUCAAACGGUCAAGACCAAGUUAGUUAGCCUACUGUCUUUUGAAUUUAUCAGCUUAAUCAAACGGUCAGAUAUUUUGACCAAUAGGCUGGUGGAGGUUUUUGUUUACAAAUUUGAAAGCUUAAUCAAGCUUAAUUUAGAUCAAUAACCUAAUUUGUUUCUCAGAGCAUGGAUCAGUGUCACAUGUGGUUUAUGAUGUGCCUUAUUUACUCAUUAUUUGAGUAAAUCCUAUUAAAUUUUAGCAGGCUCUGCUUGCAAGUUUUGAGUCGAAAGUAAAGGAAGAUUCCUAUUAAAGUAUAUGAUUUUUGCUUAAGACCAAAUUUAAUAGCAAAUAGUACGAAAUUUGUCAAAUAUCGACUUCGUAUAUGUCUGGUUUAGCUUUUUCAAAGAUGAAAUCACUUUCAAAUGCACAUUUGGACGUUAAGCUCCAUUUCGUAGCUUCCAUUGUGAUGUGUGUUAGAAAUUAGUUUCUAACGCAGAAUUAUACAAAAAGUUAUGUGGUAAUCUUUUUGUUUCAAAUAGUGGUUAAAGGAUUUUUUUUUCUUUCUUUCUAUGAUGGUACAAGUUUGACAAUAAUUCAUUUUACAAGCAAAGGUUUCAAUGGUUUUGUAAAAUGAAAGUAGUAUGAAACAAUGUAAAAGAAACUAACUGAAGUACAAAAUUACAUGAAAACAUGUAAAGAGUUUCAUGAAAAGUAAUAGUGUUAGCCUCAUGCACCCCAAUGCUAUCAAUGACUUUCAGUUGCAACCUAGUUCGAUAUUAUGAAGUAUUUGUCCGAAUUACAAUGAACUAGUGUGAUUUUAUAAAAGUUAUCACGGUGUUUCAAUGUGAUUUUGACAAAUUCACAGUGAAAACUAAACAAGACCUCAAUCAUUAAGUUACGAUUAGGUACUUUGAUGGACGAACAACAUCUUACCACCCUAUGCUAUAAACAUAGAUUUAAAGUCCGUUCAUUCUUACAUUCUUAUGGAGUACAUUAAUGGCAAGGUUCAUCAUUUCCUUUGUAUGAACUAAAUUGGCGAUUGUUGGUUUAUCAUUGCUACUAUUCGUGUUAUUAGACUCUCUUCUAAUUUUUAAGAGAUAUUACUCACAUCCCAAAAAACUUAAUUUUGUUUAAAUAUAUGAAAAUAGAAAAAAGGUGAAAAUGAUAAUGACCCUUUAUUUUAUUUUAUUUUUUUGAAGGAAAAAAAUUCAUUGCUUUUCAUUAGCUAUCAAGUCUCGGAUACAUGACGGUACAUCAUCAUAAACGUUGGAGCUAGCAUGAGAUGAGGCUACCGUAGCUAAUUCAUGAGCGACCCUAUUGGCUUGCCUCCUAUUGAACUCGACAUAAGAGUUUUGAAAAUUAUAAUCGAACAACUGCCUACAUAUAUCCUUGAGACUUCAAAGAUCAAAAGUCGUCACUUUUUUUCUCUCUCUUUAUUCUUUUGUAACUAAGCACUUUUUUUAGAAGAUGAACUAAACACUUUUACACGUGAAAACUAUUCUCUAAAGUAAUUUUUCACAAUAAUUUGUGUUAAUCCUCACAAAUUUAUACUUAUAACUUUGGAACUAGUUUGCCAAUUUCUUAUCAAGAGGUCCAUAUAUUUUCCUCUUCUUAUACGUUGACAUUUUCAUAAGGAUCACGAGCCUUAAAUCAAUAGUAUAAAAAAAACUUCAAAUUAUUUUUUAUAUAUAUGUAAUACUAAUGUGAACAUUGAACUAAUUUAUAAAUUGGACCGUUGGUGGAAAUUGACCAAGUUUCCUAGCCAUUAGGACUUAGGAGCACUGACUCCGUCCCCUGCCGACCACCAUUUGUGACAUGCACAGAAUAAUGAACUUAUCAUUAUGAACCUUAGGAAUUAAUGAAGAUUUUCAAUUUAAUUUAGACCAAAAUUAAGGUGGGGAAUAAAAUAGCUAAGUGUACAAAUUAAGGUGGGGAUACUAUACUAAUUAAGUGGCGGUGUGAGAUUAAGACAUUAUUUUUGUCUUGACUAAGAGAUUGACUUUAGGAUCAUAAGGUUGGUUAGAGAUAUUAUUGAGAUACCUUUAGGACACGUUCUCAUCAUUCAUGGUCCUUCGAGGAAGGCACAAUGUUUUGUUAACUUAUGUACACUCCAAAAUCCAAAUGAAGUUUUGGUGGAUAAUAUAUGCCAUACAAUUCCCACAAGAUAUUCGAUUCAAGAAGAGAAAGUACAUGUACAUGCAACCAAACUCAAUUAUCAUCAAAUCACCAACCAACGUUUGUAAUAUGCAUUGCAUGUAGCACGUACCAUACGGCAUAAUAAUAUGUAUGUACACCAUUGUAUGAAUUUGACUCAGAGAAAAAUCAGUCUCCUUUAAUGAUAUAUACUAUACUAGCUAGUAUAUAUUAUUUUGGCAUGCCAUGUAUUUUUUGGUAUGUCAAUGAAUCAAUGAUAUAUUAUAUGUACGUCAUGGAACAUGCAUGUUUGGAUUGUUCUCUAUAUAGUUUCUUUUAAUAUUAAACAAUCUUUAUGUUUUUUUUUUUUUUUUUUUUUUUAUAUAUUUGUUGUUGGUAGUCAAAUUAUUUAUUGUGUGUGUAUAUAUGAGUUUUUUUUUUUGUUUUUUGGGAAGAACCACGUUUGCCGCUGUAUGAUGGUCAAACCGUCUUGAUACUUUUUCUCUUUAAAGACUCGAUUUAAUAUUUUUUUUCCUUCAUAAUUUUCUCACAAUCUAGUUUAUAUCUCUGGCAAGAAAGAAAAUAGUAUUUUGAUUAGUUUUUGACAUUUUCAUAAGGCUGUUGUAAUGAGGUAAACUUAAGAGAGAAACUAAUAUAAUCCCUCAUAAACAUGUUAUAACUAAUUUAAAUCUAAUUUUUUUGAUUAAAUUGGUCUGCGAGUCAGAAUUAAUUUUAAGGAGACAAAAAUGUUCAUUCUCAUACAAACUAAUGAAAAUACAUCCACGUGACUUAAGUCAUGUUCGCCUUAUAUCAACGUGAGUUACGUCAUGUCUAAAGCAAGGUUGAUAUAAGACGAAAUUACUUAAGUCACGUUGAAGACAUUUUUGUCAGUUCAUGUGGAAGUGAGCAAUUUUGUAUGGGAGAAGAGCAACAUUCUUUUCUUCUAGCCAAACAAGGAGGCCCGUUUACACUACAAGGCCUCAGCUUAGGCCCCAAACAAUUUUGAUAAUUAUUUACUUUUUAAAAAUAAGUCUUUGCAUUAAAAUGAUUAUAAUUGAUGUUGUAGUAAUAUACUUUUUGAUUAGAUCCUUCUUGUUAUAACGUUGGUAGUCAACUAAUAGCUUAUUCACAAAAAAUAUAUAAUAGUUCAUGUCUAAUUGUAACCAAAUGAUCAUAUUGGCUUAAUUUAACACUCACAACAACAAUAAGUAUACGAGUUACUUUGAACUUGUCCAAUGACUUGAAAGAUAAUUUAAAAAGAUCCUUUCAGACACUUGUAAGAUGGUAUGAGAAGUGGUGGAGGCUAUGAGGAGAGAAGCUUCCUCUGUGAGUCCAUCAAAGGGUGUGUUGAAUCUAUACAUGUUUUGACGCUCAAGUUGGUGAGUGAACAAGAGAGUGAGGUAGAUAUUAAUGAUGAAAAGUGAGGCAGAUAUCUACCGCUAGGCUUUCACCUAACCAUGUGUCCCCAAAAGAUCCUUAUAAUGAUCUGGAGGUAGUCACAACAUUGGAUUCAUACUGGUUGGUCCAUAUUGACAGUCUGGACCACGAACCAAUGAGAUUUAUGGGGUGUCCAUGAUAGGAUCCGCCAAGCAGCAGUAUCCAGUCGGACAUGGGUCCUAACUCGGAUUUAGUAUUGGUCCUGUCUGUAACAAAAAAAGAAACUUGAAAAUGAGUAAUUUGACAUAAAUAAAAGCAAGGGUUAAUUAAGUAAAUGAUCUCUAUAAAUAUACACAAUUUUGUUUUUAAUCCCUACAAAAUAAAAUUGCAUUUUUUAGUCUUUUGUAAAAUUUUAUAUUGACAUAAAGAAGAUACAUAUGUUUCUCAUACUAAUUAAACAAAACACAUUUCAUUCAACGAUAAAGAAAACAUUUGUGAUUGAUUUUACAUCCACAUAUAUGACUUACAAUUGUUUGUUACAACUUUUUCUAUGAAAAAGAAAAUAGUAUUUUUAAACAAAAUAAACACAUUUAAAAAAUUACUCAGUUUGAUACAACUUCAAAAAAAUAAUAAUGAAUUUGAGAAGGGUACAUUUAUAUUUUAGAAUUUUUUUAUUUAAAAAAAAAUUUCUAAAGAUUUUAUUGUUCUAAAUGGCCAAAGUCCUAAAUAUAUUGAUUCUCUAAUUCUUAACACGUUUGACAUUGAUCCAAGACUCCAAGUUAGAACAUGAUUUUUAGAAAAACGAUAAAAAUACAUCAAAGUGAUAAACACCACAAAAACUCACACAUAUUACAAUGUCUCGAGUUCAAAUUCAAAUAAAGAUGUCCAACAUAAUAAUUUCGACAUAUUCAAUUGAGAUGGGCUUUAGGGACCUUUUCCUUAUAAUUGUAAUUGGCAUGAGAAGGAGUGCAAGGUACAAGGCUAAAAACACAUAACCAUCAUUGCAAAAUUUGAAAAAAUUUCUUUGAGCAAUUUGAAUUUUCUAAGCAAGAACUCUAAACAAACAGACAGAUAAGAGGGGAUGGGGGGAAGCAUUGCAUGCUAAGCGUAAAAAAAGAUGGAAUGUUUUGUGUGCACUAACAAGCACUACAUGCCCACCUCAUAAACCAUUAAUGACCCUUCUUUUGUCUCAUUCUUCAUAGACAAAUCUCCCCAACAUUGCAAUUUGCAACAAACACAUUUCCCACAUCUCUUUUACUACCUCAUCAUACACCUCUCAAACAUAGUACUAAUAUUGUUUUUUUGUGUCUUCUUUUAUGUUGUCAAUGUUAGCAAGAACUUUGGGGGCUUCUAACCCUAUCAUAUAGAUAAGCAAUGGAAUACACGUCUUUUGCUUCAUUCAUUAUUGAAUAUUAUAAAGCUUUAUAUGUUUCUUUUUAAAACGAAAGGUAAAGAAAUUAUGAAAGGUUCAUGCUUCAUGUUUUUAAAAUUUAAAUUUAAAGUCAUAGUUGGAUGCACGAAGAAAAGAGCUGAGCUACGUUAACAAAACGUUCUUCUUUUUGCAUUAUUGGCUCGUGCCCAUAUUCGAUCUCGUGGUUACUUGUCCAAUGCAUAUGGGGUUGCUUUUUGCACCCUCUUUUCUUGUUAUACUAACAACCAUGUAUCAUUUUGUUUUCUUUUCAAAAAUUUCCAUGUCUAAAAGUUUACUUUUUGAGUGCAUAUUCUUUUCAAACCUAUAUUGUCAUGCGAGCAUUUUUACAUUAUGAAAGUUUGUCUCUAGUGAUAUGUUUAGAAAAUGGGUCUUCAAGGUUAACAUUAUUAUUAGAAAGGUAUUUUGGUUGUGAUUAACGUACUAGAUGUUGAUCCGUACGUGGAACAUAUUAUUAGAUGAUAAUCAAGAAAUAAAUUUUUAUGAGUAAAAAAAAGAGAACAAGAUUUUUAGAAUUAUAAUGGUCUAGAUAUUUGGUUUUACAAACAAGUAGUAAACAAUUUCUUGAGUUUUAUUUUCUAAAGGAACUUGAAUUUGAAAAGAGUAAUGACAUUUAAACACAAAUAGUUGACACUGAAAAAAUACAGUUACUUUAAACUUUGAUUCAAUUGAAAGACAAAUAAAAGAAACUAAUGAAAAUAAAUAAAUCAAAAUCAUAUAAUGUACGGUCUGAUGCCACUUUUUGUGUUGAUAUAACAUUUUUGUUUGAAGAAAUAAUUUGUCAUAGCAAAUAGAAUCAAGGCUUAAAUAUGCAAACUGCCCCUGUAAUUUGGGCUCAUUUUGAUUUUUGUCCCUGUAAAAAAAAAUAAUUUAAUUACAUCCCUGUAAAAAAAAUUUUGUUUUAAAAAUGUCCCUGGCCCCACUUCGCUGGUGAUGUGGCAUGGGUUUUGCCACGUGGCAGUCCACAUAAUUAAAAAAUUAAAAUUAUUUUUAAAGUUUUAAAAAUUAUUUUUUUAAAUUAAAAAAAUAUGAAAAUAAAUUCAAAAAUCAUUAAAAAAAAUUGAAAAAAAACUGUUAAAAUUAAAUCUUCGACUUUAAUUUUUUUGAAUUUGAAAAUUAUAUUUUUUUCUUCAUAUUUUAAAAAAAAUUAAAAAAAUAAUUUCAUUUUUUUCAGAAAUUUCAGAUUUUAUAAUUUAAAAAAAAUAUUUUUUUUUUUUAAAAUUAUAUGAUAAAAAUAAUUUCAGAAAAUAAUUUAAUUUUUUAAAAUGUUUUUUUUAUAUUUUUAAAUUUUAAAAAAUAAUUUUAAUAUUUUAAUUAUGUGGACUGCCACGUGGCAUAAGUUGCCUAGUCAGCAACUGCCACGUGGCCCAAAACGUUGCCACAUCACCAGCGAAGUGGGGCCAGGGACAUUUUUAAAACAAAUUUUUUUUUACAGGGAUGUAAUUAAUUUUUUUUUUUUUUUACAGGGAUGAAAAUCAAAAUGAACCCAAAUUACAGGGACGGUUUGCAUAUUUAAGCCUAGAAUCAAUAUUUACAUUUCCAUUCGAAAAAGAAAAAAAAAAAAAAAAAAAAAACAUAUCUUUUACACACUAAACUUAGCUAGGCAGAAUCACCAUGAUUGCCAGAAUAUAUAUAUAUUUGUAUGGGAUUUUGGAGAAAAGAAUCCUAACUUAGUCAUUGGGCAAAUAAAUAGUGAUUUUCACGAAUUUUGACAUUUAUUUCGUUAACAUGUCAUGCCUUGGACCUCUAAAAAAAGGUCAUACCUUGGUUGAUGUUAUAUUAUUUUUUUUUGAAUAAAAGUUUGAUGUUAUAUUUGGUUGCACUACAAAGAUAAGAAAAAUAUUUACUAGUCAUGUUUCUAUCAUCAAGACCUAAAUUAAUCGACUUCUAAAGUAAGGAAAAAUCAAAAUGAAAGUUGCGUCUACGCUUUAUUUUGAGUUAGAAUCCUCUACAUUUAUAAAGAACAAUCCUCAUUUCGAUACCCAAUUCAAUUGUUGCAAUGACUCAUUUAAAAUUAUUGAAGAUUAAGUUUGUUAAUAUGAUAACUCAACUAAAUAUUUCUUACAAAAUGCUUUAUACAAGGAAAUAAUAUAGCAUCACGAAAUGGCAACGAACUAAUAUCAUUGGUUUCACGGCCGUGUUUUCCGCAAAGGAAAUUGCUAGUUAUAGCGAAAGAGAAACUCCAGAACAAGUGUCUAUUUAAUAAACAUAUCUCUUAAAUUAUAUCCAUGACAUCAUUGUUUUCCGCCCUAAAUGCUAUUGGCUUAAUGGUGUAUCAUGAACUGCUCGGACAAAAUAUCUCACGUUAAAUAGCAUCAGCGGCGAAGCUAGCAACUUUUUUACGAGGGGGUCAAAUGUUAAAAGUUUAUUUUUAUUUGUAAGAAACUAAGUAAUUUACAAGAAAUUUAUUCUCUAUUUUAUGUUUGAAUCUUAUAUUGACAAUUUUCAUUGCUAAUGUUGAGAAUUGACUCAAAAUUGAGGAUUCAGCCAAAAUCGUGGCCCGAUUUUGGACCAGUUUUUGGACUUAUGAUUCUGGAAAAAUCUACCCAAUUCAAUUGUUGCAAUGACUCAUUUAAAAUUAUUGAAGAUUAAGUUUGUUAUAUGAUAACUCAACUAAAUAUUUCUUACAAAAUGCUUUAUACAGGAAAUACAUAUAGCAUCACGAAACGGCAGCGAACUAAUAUCAUUGAUUUCAUGGCUGUGUUUUUCGCAAAGGAAAUUGCUAGUUAUAGCGAAAGAGAAACUCAGCAACGAGUGUGUAUUUAGUAAAUGUAUCUCCUAAAUUAUACACAUAAUUGUUUUCCCCUCAAAAAGAAAUGCUAUUGGCUUAAUGGUGUAUUGCGAACUGCUCGGGACAAAAUAUCUCGCGUUAAAUAGCAAUGCUCUUCCGCAAAACACCAACAAAUAUGUUUUUAAACAAUUCUAAAAUUUUGACAUGUUUCCUUCGUGAAUUUUCGUGAUCCUUUUCUCCCAAUUUUUUUUUUUGGUAAAGAUAAUGUCUCCCAUAUUUUCAAUGCAAAACACGGCAAUUCUAGCUCUAAUUCAUUUGCAGGGUAAAGUCUUUCAUGGUUUUUUUUUUUUUUUUUUUUGCUUCCUAGAGGCAGAAUACUAGCAAAUGACUUUGUAUGGUGUGAUUAUCCAUCGUAUGCAUCUCUUCAUGAUAUGAUGUGGGUGGAGUUUUCUCACAAUGAUGUUAGGGUGGAUUUUGAUCGGGGAAAUAUUAUUUAUAGAAAAAAGAACAAGUAUAAGAUACUAUCUGACUAUGCCAAAGCACCUACUAUUUCUAGUUUAAAAGACCACAAUAUACCACAAUAUAUUCACUAGAAUUAGACAAAGCAAGUCAUACACGGGCACAACCUUAAAUCAUAAACGUUUGGACACACAUAUGGAAACUGUUAAAAGAAAAAUAAUUUAAUCACAUCAUUUAACGCAAAAGGCAUCUCAAAGGGUAUAUAAAAGUUUACAAAACAAGUAUCGCUAGAUAGCUAGCCAAAAGGGAGAAAAACAAAACAUUACGAAUUAGAAAACCCAAGAUUGGCUAACGAGUUGGAUCACCAUGCGUGAUAGUCGCAAACAUUAUGAGAGUUAUACGAUUUCAGACACCGCCAAAAAUGAAGUUUAAUACACUCAAGUAACUAAUCCAACAUAAUAUGAUGUAAUCUCACUGUUACCAUGAAUUCGCCUACAUGUUCCCUAAACAAACUUGUCUCACCUCCCUCACCCCCUUUUCAAUAUCAAAUAAAUCCUUCCACCACACUGAUGUCUGCCUCCCUCCUCUACGAAUACUAUCAUUUAAACACCAUAUUUAGCCGGUAUAAUUUUAAAUAAAAUUAAUAUAUUUUGGUUCAAAUAGCUCUCAAACGUUUUAGAAUACCAAAUCAAAUUGAUAGUAAAAUCAAUAAAUUUAAUUGUGUUAAAAUAUAUUCUAUUAAUUUGAAUUUUGAAAAUGAUUCAUUGUGAAGUUUUUUCUUCAAAAAACGCUAACAGAGAAACCUACACGUACUAAAUACUGAGAAGUGACGAAUUAUAAAUUCGAACGACGUUCAUGCAUAUCUAAGGUAUCCACAACGUUUUUAGGCUAAAUUACAUCGGAGAUUCUUUAAGUUAUUUAAUUGUAACAAAUUUGUCUUUUAAGUUUUUUCGUAUUACUUACGUCUUUUAAGUUAUUUAAUUGUAACAAGUUAAUCGUUUUAGUAUUUUUUUUUUGUAACACUUAAGUCCUUUUAAGUUAUUUAAUUGUAAUUUGUUGGAAAUUUAGGUUUUAAUAAAAAAACAGAUUUCAUAAAACAUGUUCAACAAUUAUGAAUCAAUAGCGGAAGCAAACAAAACAUUGAACACGAUUAUGAUCGGAUCUAGACAUGUCUGAUUUAUCAAGGAUAUUAAGAAUAAGGGUAUUAAGAAUACCUGGAUGAAGCUUUCGUGACAACUCUCUCGCCAUCAACGAUCUAAAACAAGGAGAGGAGAUGAUCUAAUCUGAAACACACAACAUAGCUUAGCGGCGACUGAUUUGGUUCUUCCUCAACCGGUACCUUUAUACCUCGAGUUCUCUUCAGAUGGGGAGAAGAGAAUGUUUGCCGUGUACGGUGUAUUGGGACCAUAGUCUCUUUUAUAUUGGAUGACUAUUAGAUUUUCCAUUAUUCCGUUAAUGAGUCAUCCAGACAUCCACUCAUUGAAUCCAUAUCUAUUAAUGAAAUAUUUAAUUAAUUAUCUAAUUAGAAAUCCAAUAGCCUUAUUACUUAAUUUAAUCACUAAUCAAUUAAGGCUCACAACUGAUAAAUAGCUAAUAUAAUUAUUAUUACAAUAUUUGUCCACAUAAUGAUAUCGGAAUAUAAUAAAAUAAUAAAAUAUUCCAACAUAACUUUUAAGCCCCAAAUAACUUACAUUUUUAAGAUUUGAAAUCCUCCAAAUUAUUACUAUUAAAUAACUUAAAAGGUUAGAAAAAAAUACUUAAAGACCAACUUAUAAUAAUGAGUUAACUUAAAGACUUGAGUGGUACAUUCAUAUUAAUAACUUAAAAAUGAUCGUCGGAGUUAAUAAAGAAUUUAAAUGAUCAAUUUAUUACAAUUAAUAACUUUAAAAUUAUCGCCGGUGUAAUUUAUCCACGUUUUUACUAUACAAAUUGUACUUACGACAUAUGAUUUUUAUUUUAUUUUAUUUAUUUAGUAAAUUGUUUUAUACUUUUGAAGGUCUAAAACGAUUACUUUGUUGACUUUAUUCUUGUACCGACUUGCUUGUUUUAAGAGUCAAAGGCAAUGUUAUCCAAGAACUCCUUACAUCUUUUUUAUUCCACCACUAACCUAAAAAAACUAACGAUUUAGGCACUUCAAAUUGUACCACCUCUCCAUUAUUUUUUUACUUUAAAAACUCCAUGCCAAUACAUAUCCAAUACCCUCUUUAUUCUUUUUUGAGGGAGGGUGAGGGGUGGGAAUGUGUAAAGGAAUAUACACCUUCUUUAGGUGAUGGUCAAUUUCAUUUAGAAAAGAUGUGGACACAAUAAACUCCGUCACAUAAAUAUAUAGUUCUACAUAACUUUGUGGCAAUAUGCAAUGCAAGUCAAGUCAUGAAGCACGUUGCUUAACCUUCAAAACUUGAAUCUUAUCCAAAACCAAGUAGGUCACCGAGUAAGCAUAAGCACCACAAUUUUAUUUGUUUAUUCUAUUCUUAUACUCCUUCGUGCCUUAGUGUGAAAGGUUGCAAAUUGAAGUUACUAAGAAAACCAUUCCUACGCGUCACACUUUAAUCAUAACCUUGCCACAUAUACUUAGAGACCAUUUUCUACUACCGUGUGGGACAUUCAUAUUUAAGCCAAAUGGCAUCAUUCUAGAAAUUACUAGAAAUUAAUCCAAAUUUAAAUUUAAAUUCAAAUGUCUUUUUUAAAUAAUAUUGACAACUAAAGAAGUAAUUUAAACCAUGUUGAAAUUUUAUCAUGGUUUUCCUUUUAAAAGUCUUGUUUUUCCUCAUUUGUGUAGCUAGUUUUAUGCCAAAAGUCAUGUUUAUGUGGACACAUAUUUCAAUUUUCUAUUUCCCUCAUGCGUAACGCUUUGUCUAUUUUUUUUUUCUUUUAAAAAAUCUUAUAUAGUCAAAUUCAGUUCUAAUGACCUUCCAAUUCAUUUAGACUUUGACAAAUGGCAUGUCAAUAAGAGUUCUAUCUCACUAAAACUUUGUUUGCACAUACAAAAAACCUAAAAUAAAAUGAAUAUAAAUAUAAAAUACAAAAUACACCAAUCAUGCAUUGAAUAGUUUUUUUUUUUUUUUAUUUCUCAACAAAAAUAUUAUAAUCAUACACCAUUUUUUAAAUUUCAUCUUAAUUUAUAUUUUAUAUUUAUAUUAAUAUAAUUUACCAAAGAAGUGAAAUAUAGGAAAACAAAUGUGGGAUAAGUUGGACUUAGGAAUAGGCAUUUUCAUUUUAAAUAAUCUUGUAUGUUACCUAAAAUCAUAAUUUUGCCGUUUAGGGUGAAGUAGUGCAUUUAUAUGAACAUGAGAAUAGGUAUUUUUCAUAUAAAAAUUUAGGCUGAAUUAGGCAAAAGCAAUUUAAGGAAAAACCUUAUCUUUUAAUUUGUAUCCAAACAAAAGAAUACUCUAGUACGGUAUAAUGUAAGGUGUCAAGAACUUAAUAAGGAAAUGAAGAAAUGAAGUACCACAUGUCAAAUUGUUCCAAUAAUUUUGUCACAACACAAGUCAGAGAGAAUUUCCCACAUCUUCUAAAAGAUACGACUAGAUUUUGGGGACCUUACCAAAAUCCAAAAUUUCACAUACAACCAAUUAAAAAUAAGAAUAAAAAAAUACAUUAAAAUAUAACAUAACAUAAAAAUAUUUGGUGGAAGUGUUAUGGUGCACGUCAUAUAGUUGUAGUUUAACUAAAUUUUGUGUGGCUAAAGCCAUAUACAAGCAUCAUUGAAAUCUUUCUAACAUAUUUGCAUUACCUUUACCAGAAUCUAGCACUGUCUUCAUAAAUUCGUGGACCAACAAUUUUUUGCCACGUUAGUGUUAUUACCUACUUAUAUGUUAAUUUUACUCUGUUUCCUACUACAGCCACGGUGUUAUGUUCCCUUUUGCCAACUUGUAACAUUCACCUCUCAACUAUAAUGCAUGCCCAUAUUCCACACUCCAACCACAUGUUCAAAUUAUUAUUCCUACGCAACAGUACCAACUGUAUAUUAUAAAUAAAUUAAAUGUACCUUGCUGGGUAAUUUAAUAAUAAAUACCGAACACCCCUUCAACAGAAAACCUAUCGUGAACCGUUUUUUUAUAUGUAAGAAAUAUUAUUAUAGAAAUGCUACCAUGGUAUUGUUUUCAGAGAAAUAUAGCUUUAACAAAAUUUGAGUUUGGUCCAAAAGUUAGGUGAUGUUAAUUAAGAGUUUUACAUGAGAUGAAAGAUAGUUUGAACUUUGAAUAUAUCUUUUAUAAGUAGAGGUAUUAGUAAUUUAGAAAUCAAAUUUAUAAUAUUGAGUUACAUUUAACUUAAAUUUUAAGAUGGUAUGAAAAUCUAUUACUAUUAGAUUUCUUUAAUUAGAUCACUUGAAUUAUAGUUCGUAUGUAUAAUCCUAACUAUGAAGAGUGUACGUUAAGAAUAAGACACUAACGUGAGAAUAUAAGUUAGACCUAAUCUAAAUUUUAAGAAGUGAAAUAUAAUUAAUUGCAAACUUCUAAUUAACUUAAAUUUUGAAAAAUGGUAUGAAAACUUAUUCAAGAUUCAUUGGAUCAUCUACUGCUAAAUUUCUCUUAUCAAAUUGAAUUACUUGAGUCCAUAAUUCAGAUAUUUAAUCCUAAAUAUGAAGGGUGUGCGUUAAGAGUCAUACAUUAAUGUAAUAUGAUAAAAACAUAUUAGUGAAGACAAUCAACCCCUUAUAAAUUAAGCUCAAAGUAAAUUAUAAAUUCUAAGUGAAAUAUAAUUAACUACAAACCUCCCAUUUUUGCUCAACCUUACUUACACACAUUUUAAUCCCUUAGUCUCCACACUAGUACCACUAAAAUUCACCUAAAUCACAUAGAAAAGGCUUUAAAAACAUUUCCUUAAAUCAAAAUUAAAAACCAUAGUACUUAUCCAAGUAUUGUCUACUAGUGACAUGAAAAUGAAAAAUAAAAAUUGGGAUCUUAAUCUUGGAUAAGGAUUAAAAGUCCAAUCCCUUAAGAAAGAAACAGUAUCACCAAGUUCUCUGUUCCAAGAAUUCUCCAUUUAAUGUCAAAAAACAUUACCGUCCUCUAAUAUCUCUCCCUCAACGUCACACCACCGCUUUUCUUAAUUAUCCACUUCCAUAAUUUCCACGCUGUAACAAAAAUACAUAUUUUAAAAAAUAAAAUAAUUUUCCAAAAACACGUAACACCGAAUGUUAGAAGAACAAACACGCACUACAUGUGUCUAUAUAUAUAAACCUCAUUCCCCUCAAACAAAACCAAACAACACAACGUCAAAAAAAAAAAAAAAAAACACAUUACAUUACAUUACAAUUUUCAUAGUUCAUAGCAAUGAGUUCAUGGGUGAGAGGCAAGUGUAUUGGUAAAGGAGCGUUUGGCGUUGUGAAUUUAGCUUAUUCAAAAAGCGAUUCUAAAGUUUUCGCGGUGAAAUCAGUUGAUACUAAAACUGCUCUUCCAAGUCAGUUAGAAGCGUUGGAGAAUGAGAUUAAGAUUUUGAAACGGUUAUCUUCUUCUUCUUGUUCUUCUUCGCCUCACGUGAUUGGUUUUCUCGGCGAAGAUGUCACGUGCGAAGGAAAUAAAACGUCGUCGUUUAAGAAUCUACACUUGGAGUACAUGCCAGGUGGCACCGUCGCUGAAAUCAACCGUGCUGACGUGGAUGAAAAGUUAGUUAGAAACUUCGCCUGGUGUUUAGUUAACGCGUUACGUGAUGUUCACGCGCGUGGCGUUGUUCAUUGUGAUGUUAAAGGAAGAAACGUUCUCAUCGGUGGUUCCGUCGCUAAGCUAGCUGAUUUUGGUUCAGCUAUGGAAUUUUCCGGUGGUGAAUGUGAAGUACCACGUGGAAGUCCGAUGUGGAUGGCGCCGGAGGUUGUUCGCCGGGAGUAUCAAGGACCGGAGUCUGAUGUCUGGUCAUUAGGAUGUACUGUAAUUGAGAUUUUCACCGGAAAAUCACCGUGGGAGGAUCGGGGAUUCGAGACGUUGAGUCGAAUUGGAUUUUCCGAUGAGUUACCGGAGUUUCCAAGCGGUUUGUCGGAGCUCGGGAGAGAUUUUCUGGAGAAAUGUUUGAGGCGUGAUCGGAAUCGGAGAUGGAGGUGUGAUCAGCUACUUCAGCAUCCAUUUUUGUUACCGUGUGAUCGCGUAGUUGAAACUUCGCCACGUUGCGUUUUGGAUUGUGAAGAAAACGAGUUUGAAUUUGAAGAAGAAAAUGAAGUGAAGUUGAAUAGUGAUGAAAAUGAAAAUUCAGGUAAAAAUAGAAUUGGUAAAUUAGCAACGGGAAUGAGGGUAAAUUGGGAAACGGAAGAUUGGAUUGAAGUGAGGGCAAUUUCGUCUGAACAAAAAGAAGAAGCAACAAUGGAAAAUGAAGAGUAUGAGUGUGACUGUGAGGGGGAAGAAGCUGAAUCAGGGGUAAUAUGGGAAAUUGAGAAUAUAAUGAGGGUAGAAGAGGAAAUGGAAGUUGGGAGUAAUUCGGAAUAUGGGGAUUCUGAUGAAAGGGUAAAAUGGGAAAUGUGGAAAUACAACCGCAACCGUAGGAACAACGUUAUAGGUGGAAGUGGAAGUUGGUCUGGUUGGAGAUGUCGGUAUAGAUACGGUUGGGGAAAUUUUAAUAGGAAUAUUAGUGGAAUAUUCAGCAUUUGCACUUGUUGUAAUAAUUGUAAAUUAUUCAAAUCAUGUAAAUUGUUCUCAAUAUAUAAUAAUUGUUAUUAUUCCUUGUGGUUGAAAAUAUUCUUUAAUUGGUGUUUCAAAUUGAGAUUCAUGUUAAACAUGGUUAAGAGUGUUUUUAUUUUAAAGUUUAGUGGAAAUAAUUUAAUCAGAACUAUUUUAUUUAGUCAAAUAUUAGAAGAGUUCGUUCAAUAUAAAUAAUUUUUUUAAUAAAUAAAAAUGAGAUAUAUUAUUAUUAAAAGAAAAAAAUUUACCCCUCUAAGGAUCAUAUUAAGGGUCAUGCUUAAGAAUAUUGGAGGCCAGAGAUAAUUCUCAAAAGAAAAGAAAACUAGUAUAAGUUUACAUGUCUAAAGAAAAUUGUACUGAUUUUAUAUAUUUUGUACGACCUUGUUGUUUGUUUAUUAUUUGUUUGCAUUGACGUUUAUAACUUUGAAUGUUUGCCAAAAAUCUAUGAAAUCUUAUAUAUUUCAUAAUGUUUACGAAAAAUUUAAUGCAAAAAUAAUUUUUUAAAAUCUUCAUCGAAGAGAAGGAUCAAGAAUAUUCUAAUUUACAGAUGACUACUAUAACAUCAUAUAUGGAGAGAAAUGUUACUCAUGAGGUCAUAUGAAACUAAAAUAUUUAAAAUUGCAUUUUAAAUCCAUAAUGUUCUUUGAAAUUUUAAAGGUAUAGGUAUGUGUUAUAAAUUCCUACUCACUAUUUUAAAAUCCUCAAGACAUUUUUUUGUUGUUGUUAACAUUGUCUCUUAAAAUUCAAGAACAUGAUGUAGUAUCACAUACGCCAACCUUUCAAGGCAAAAUACACGAUAUUUUCCAUUCCAAUAAUUAAUUUUGUGUCAAACUUUGAAGGAAUCAUGAGAAGGCAUUGUCCACUCUUAAAGAAUUAAUUGUGUGUCAAACUCUAUGUAAAUGAAUCUAAAGGUCUAAAGGUAGAUUUCUUAUUUCUCCCAAUUCAAAGAUGGAAAUCUCAAAUACUAAACUUUGCAUAAAUCAUGAGAAGGCAUUUUCCACUCUAAGAAUUAAUUUUGCAUCAAAGAUUUCUUUUUCUCCCAAUCAAAGAUGGAAGUUGCAAAUACUUUCCAGUGCCCAAUACAUUUUGAAUCUAAAAAUUUAUGCAAUUCUAUCCUUGAGCUCUUGUGAAACAUUCAUACUACCAAAGUAUUUUUUUUGUUGAUUUUUCAAGUUACCCAGACUUGAACCAAAGACCUAAAGAUUGACGGCAUAAACCUCUAACCAAUAGAACACUUGGGAGCAAGUAUAAGUAUACUACACAAGUAUUAAGUCUUCUAAAAUUACUCAUGUCUCAUAAUAAUAGUCACAUUUGUAAAAAAAUAGUCACAAAAAGGUUAUCAUUUUUAAUUUCUAAUGUAACUUUAAUUGCUUAUUAUCUAAUUAUAUCACUAAUUAACGCUAUGUGCACAACUUUUAAGUUAUAAUUGUCUCAAAAAAAUUGUCUCGAAAAAAAUUAAGUUAUUAUUCUUUACUUUUCAUUUAUGAUAAUUGACAUACACAUUAGUCAUAGAUAAUUGAUUAAAAUCACCAUUCAUUUUUUUUUUCCAUUUAUAAUUGUUAAUUAUUUCUUUAUUUAUUUUUUCGAUAAGCAAAGAGAUAUGUAUGACAUCAUGACGAGUCUAAAUAGAGUACCUCAUCAGAUGUUUUUUUUUACUACUUGAUAAUUGUUUUUUAAUAUGUAUGAAAUAAUCAAAUACGAUAAAUACCGUAGAAUGACUAAAAAGAAAAACAAUAAAUACCGUAGAAUGACGAGAGUAAUGGUUUGUCUCGAUGCAACCACAUAAGUUUUUGUCUAAGUGUAAAUGUCUCACAUGUUAGUUUGUUAGUGAUAGAGUAGAACUCAUGACCUCUAUAUUUCUCUAAUUCAAUUUUUGUAGGUGUUAUCCAAUAUGGAUCUAUUAGAACAAAAAAUAUACCCACUUCGAGAUACAGAUAUACCCACAUUGACUUGCAAGAACUUAAUUUAGACAUUAUUUUAUGGACAACAUUACAUGGGGAUAUAGGCCUCCGACCCCUCAUAGACUUCCCGUUAUCACACUUAGGAAUCAAAACAAUAUUUGUUGAGUUCAUGUCUUAUAGCAUAAAUCCUAAAGCAAGCCAAUGACAACAAGAUGUAUCAAAAGACAAUUAAACCCCACAUAUCUAACAAGAUUUCACUUCUUGUGGUAUCUAUUUUAAGGAGUGGGCAAAACAAAGUGGGCCCCAAUGUUUAAUAACGGUUUUGGAUGGUUGAUCAAAAGACACAUAAAGAUUACUUAUUUUAUUGAAAAAAGCUGAUCGAGAGUUACGAUUCGAUCACAUUUUACAUACAAAAACAGUUGAUCAGAAAUUACGUUCCGAUCAGAAGCGAAAUUGAGAAGUCUAUUGAGCAACUUUAUGGAUUUUAUAUGGCACACAACAGAAGUGGAAAAAGGCACAUGUAACUUAUAAUUUGGUGUUUUCUUUGUUGGAUUUUCAAUUGGACAACUACGAAACAUGGUCACAAGAAGCAUACCUCAUGUUGCAACCGCAGUAAUGCUUUUUGGCUUUGAGCCAACAAUUGCAUAUGGCAAAUGGAUUUGGAGGAGUCAAUUGGGUUUUGAUGGAAAAGAAAAAGGAAAAAAUGUUUGGAUGAUAUGAAAUUGUAUGCUGUAUAUAAUUGGAUUGAGGUGUGUCAUGUGGACCAUAUAGUUUCUUUACAAUUCUAGAGAUAUUUUUAACAUGCAUUAUUAAUAAAUGUCAGUGCUACUUGUGCUUGCCCAUCACUUGAGAUUGGAUGGCAAACAUAUCCAUAUAGUAAUAAAAAGAUACACAUAGAUAUAUAUCAUAAAAAUAUAAACUACAAUGACCUAAUGUGUGGUACAUUAACACUUCCCUAAAGUAUCUGUUAUAAAAAUGUUUUUUUAGAGAAGUUAUAAAAAUGUUAUAGUUAUUUUUAUAUCAAUUUUUUUGAUCAGAUAGUCUAGUGGCUAGAAUUCACCUUAUUAAUUGUUAUAUUAAACCUUAUCUAUCUAUUUUAAAAUAAUUAUUUUGUCUGAUGAUAUUGGAGGAAAUUUUGUACCUUUAUUUUUAUUAAGAUCACAAAUUCUUUAUUUAUUUCUUUCUAAAAAGUAGUUUUCUUAUCAUGAAGUAAGGGGAAAUGUUUUGUUUGACUCGUGAAACAUACCUCUACAACAAAUAUAUAUUGAACUUUAAUUAAUUUUUUAUUUUUAAAAUAAGAGAGGCCUAAGCCCAAGAAAGAAGAAUGUUAUUGUUCCCACAUCAAAGAAUUGUAGGAAACACUACGAAAAUACUAAAGUAACCUCAUCAACAGUUAACUGCCGAUGGAUAUUAACCAAUGGUAGUUAACCGUCGAUGAAAAUUGGUGUUAAAUUCGCCAUUUUAUGGUAUUUCUUAACUUUGUGCAAAGUGUAAACAACAAUUUUCAAAAAAGAAACUACAUUAAAAUUACGCGUUUUAUUUUAUUUUUGUUUUUUAAAACAAAAGAGGGCCUAAGCCCAAAAAAGACACUGAAAUUAUACAAUGACUUUUGACACCAGUUUGAUCAACUAAUAGUUUUCUUAGUAAACAUCAAUGUAAUUCAAUAUGUUAAUUGAAUUAAAAUUUAAAACUAAGUUGAAGUACAUUCUAGAGCGUAGUAAGACUAGAGAGCACCUCUGUCUAUUGCAGGUGUCAUAGUUUUUUGGUAAUUCUAAAUUUGAAGCAUUACCACUCGAUCACAUGCAUGUCUAUUGCAUGAGUGCAUCUUCCAAAGACUCAAAGUCUUCAUUUACAUGAAAUUUUAAUUCAGCUUUCAACAUUCAUAAGCACUUAAUGAAUUGACGACCAAUAUAUUGGAUGCAUAUUGUUUUGAAUAUGCCCUUAAUAAAGAUGAAAAGGAGAAAGAUGAACUUGAACUCAUCAUUUUUACAGCCGUUAAAAUAGCAUACAUGAUUUGCUUUUGCUACUUGUCUAAAUUUUAUCUAAACACCUAAUUAUGAUGGUUGCCAAACACAUUCAAACAUUUAAGUUAGUAACAAUUUUAUAAGCAUGGCAUUUUUAGUUUACUAACUUUGGUAUUUGAUUGAAGGGUUAAUUAUAUUUUCGGUCUCUACAAAAUUGCGACCUUGUAAGUUUAGUCCUUAUUUAAUUUUAAUAGUUUUUUUAAUCCUUACAAAAAAUUUCUGCACUCAAUAUUAGUCCUUACUCAAUCCAAAUUUGUUUAAUUUAUGCUUAAACUCUUAAGUUUUUCAACAAUUUUUUACAGACGUGUUAAGAACGUUAUUAAAAGGUCCUCCGAAAAAAAUAUCGCAAAAAUUUGAUUUCUACGUCCAUAUUUUUGUUACUUAUAUCUUAAACUUUUGUCGUUUUAAAAAAUUCAUAUUUAAUUUAUUUCAUGUUAAAAAAUUAUAGAUUUUAGCAAAUGAACCUUCAUAGUGUUAUAAACUUGUAUAAAAAGAAUCGUUAAAAAAGUUAAGAGUUUAAGGAUAAUUAAGCAAAAUUUAUUUUAGCAGGGACUAAAAUUAUAAGUAAUUUUUUUUUGUGUAGGGAUUAAAAAAGCUAUUAAAAUUAAGUAAGGACUAAACUUAGAAUGUCGCAAUUUUAUAGAGACCAAAAACAUAUUUAACCCUUGAUUAAAUUAGUUUUUCCUUUUGCCAAUCCAAAAAGUCAUGCAAGCCUCACAUCUUUCUCACUUGUGAGCUUAGCUCAGUUGGUAGGACAAUGCAUUAUUAUUUGCAGAGAACCACUAAACUACCUGACAAAAAAAAAAGCUAGACUUGUUUCCCUAUAUUGUAGAUGCCAAUUAAAGCCUGAAUUUAUUUUUUUAUUAUUUUUUUUUCUUUGAAAAUGAAGUCUGCAAAUCUUAUAGCUUAUGUCUUUUUGGCUUUCAGCAAACUACAAUGGGGCUCUGUUGGAUAUUUUUAGGGUUGUAUGGCCCAAAAGUCCUAAACCAAAUGGCUUUCACCUCCCAUCCGUCAUGUUUCUCAUGCGUCCUCCUAAAUUUCAAAACUGCCCUCAGAUUUUCGGAUUAUUCAAUAUGCUACUCUUAUUUUCAACUCUUCCUUUGAGGUCCAACUCGAUUAGUCUCUUCAGUGGUUCAGUUGUGAUUUUUCCUCUUAAGUCCAACUAGAUUAGUCUCUUUAGCGGUCCAGUUAUAAAGUCGAUUUGUGACAAUACCUUAUAUGCAUCUAUGUUAGGAUUGAUACGAGCUGUUAGUGGGUUCUGAUACCAUGUUGGAUGGAGGAAUGUUUUACAUAUUGAGCUGUAGUUGUUUCAAGGGGCACUCAACAUGGAAAGGAUAUUGAAGAUUUGCAGAAAAGUUUGGACAAUGCUGAGUAAGGUACAUAUACAAGCAUUUCUAAUUUUCUGACAUAAUUACAUUUUCAGAGUGAUUUUCAAAUUAACUAAGAAUAAACAGUAUUGUUCUAAAGUUUUUGAACUAGGAUAAAAAACUUUAACAGUGUUUGUGGUUUCUAGAAGCAUUGCAGAAGAUUAUGGUCAGACUCAGACAGUCAAAUAUAGGUUUGACGCCAUCUAAGUAAUCAGCAUUUCAAUCUUGGGCUAUGUUUCAGAGUUUAUAAGAGAUCAUAGCAGAAUUCUAUUCACUUUGUGUUAUUGUCAAAUCUUAAUUCUUAGUGUUAAUUGAUGGUCUUAUGAUGAAAAUUAUAAAUUUAACCCAAAUAAAAACGGAUAUUAAGAACAUAUCCAUGUACCGAACUAAUAAGUAGCAAGAAAGUGAAAUAAAAGAAAACACAAUGAUUUGAACUUAUCAUUGAAAAACAUUACAGAAACUAACAUGCACUGCAUGAUAAUAAUGAAGUGACAAGAGUGCAAUAUCCUGCAAAUAAAGUAAAAAAGGUUGUUACUGCACAGUAAGAAACAUAAACAAGUUGAAUCAAAGCUUUUCAAGUGUGUCUGUUUCUUCAUUUUAAUUCUAACGAAUGUCUAAUUUUGGAAUGUGUGCUAUCUUUUCCCAGUACACCCUUGUUCCCUCGUUGCAUCGCUCAUUUAAUCCUCCAGACAAACAUAAAUAGUCAGAACCUCAAGUGAAGUGAGGCGUGGAAUACCUUCUUGCAAGGAUUUCAAUCCUUUAUACCAAGCAAAUUCCAUUGUUCGAAUCGUAGACCUUUCCACAUUUUCUCCGGAAAAGACUCAGGCUCAUCACAGUAUAAGAUAUGCAGACACUCUAAAGCUUGGUUUAACGGUUCUCAAAAUCCUCUAUGGGAAAGAUUUCAUUUCUUUACCUACACAAAGGUAGAGAGUGUCAUGACCAUUGAAACUACAGAUUGACAUCAGUGACUCAUAGUUACGUCCAACUGCAAAGAGGUCUUUAACAGAUGGAAGAGAUGGCAACUCAAAUUUCGGGCAAUCAUGGAUGGUCAGAUCAUGGAUUAGCGAGGUCUUUAAUAUGAAUUACAUCAAUUCAUAUUAAAAAGUGACAAAAAGAAAUGCAAAUUCAAUAUAUUUGACAAGGCCUGAGAGUUUGUUGUGAUAUAUGACACAAACUAUAUGAAUGCAAAUUUAUUACUGGACAACACGCGAUGCAUCCAAGAACUCGCGCAUUGCGCAGCAUGGAACGUAAUUGAAGGUUGUAAUAAGAGUAGUAGUACUUCUAGAUACUGAAUCCUGCUACCUCUAUAUGAUUCUACUUCCAUUGUUCUAGACAAGCCCAAUCUAGAGCCCCAAAUAUUUAGAACUUUCUCACCAUUUUAUUUUCCUCCCUUUUGUAAAUAACCAAGAAAGUUUCAUGUGUACUAAACAAACUCAUGUUAAUUUUCCCUUCAACAAUUCAUUUGCUUGUGUGAUUUUUCAAUAUUUGAAAGUGCAGUCUUCCACAAUUUUGUUUAUUGAAUUCUUUGUCUGGUUACAUUUCUGUUGACAAGUCAAUUUUAUAAAUGACAAAAAAUCUUGUAGUCACUGAUUUUAGCCUCCAUAAGGCAAUAAUUUGAUCAAGUAUGAAUUCAAAAAAGUAUUUGUCCCUUUUAAAUAAAUAAUGUAUGUACAUUAUUUGGAACAACCAAGGCACAAAAUGGCAAGGACAACCUCCUGAGGCUUAGGAGAAACUCAAGUGAAGUCAGGUGUCAAAUAUCUUCUGGCAAGGAUCAAGUUCGAAGAGAAAUAAACUAAUGCUAAUCUACUAAAAUAUACGUAGUUAAAAGAUGGAAAAUUCACUUUGUUAUAAAAUAAAACAAUUGAUUUCUCAUUCAGGAAAAGCAGUGGAUGCAACUUGGUUAAUUAACAUUGUCUGACACAAACGAAGUCGGGAUUCAGCAGCAUUCCACAACAUAUACGACACAAACCCAAAACAAUAACACAGAUUAAUCAAUGGCUGUGCGUCUGGAAGAUAGGCCUUUAUCAUGCAGUUCUUUGUCAUAUCAAUCAAACUUUGAUUCCAUAUCACAUGCUCUGCCUCAUUAAUUUAUCCAGUUUUAGAAGUUUCUCCAAUGUAUUUGUAAUGAAUAUCAGGAUCCUCUAUAAAUAAUACAAAAUAAAAAGUUAUGAAAAUGAAAAAGAACUAGAAAAUGCAAUAUAGGUUAGUCUAGAAAACAGUCUUAAGAAAUACCAUAGCUAAAAUAUUGGUCAAAGAGGCCUUUAAUUGGUAAAAGAGUUUGAUGCAUGCAUCAACAAUUUGCAACUCAGAAUAUUCCUUAGAAGUCAUCAGAUUUUGAAGCAGUAAAAUUCUUUAAUAUAAGUCCAGAAAAAUAAUUUAUUUGAAAAGAAAAGGCUUAUGUUAACAACAUGAGUGCUAAUACAUUACCUGCACAAUUAAUUGUAUAUUUCCCCGAAGGAUGACCAAUAAAGAUCUUCCGUGUACUCCAGUGUUCAUUCUUCGAAAUAGGUUCAAACCAAUUCAACCAAAGCCUGAAAAUCACUCAUAUGGAGCAUAUAUAACAAUGUUUUAAAAUUCAGUGAGUUGAGCACUUGAAAUCCAAACAUGUGGUGCAAUGACAUGUGUAUUCACAAUGGCCUAUUUGACCAGCCAGAAGCAGAAACACAAACACAAUACCUUUGCUUCUUGAUUCCUAUUGAACAUAAAAGCAACAUCACCAAAAGUCUAAGUUCGGAAUACGUGCUAUCUUGUUCCAGUCCUCUCCUGUUCCGUCCUUGCAUUGCUCCUCUAAUGUUUUAGUUGGAGAACAUAAACCUUUGAAAAACAUUGAAAACGUUGAAUUCUAUCAGGAACCAUUGCUGCUAUCAUAGAUCCUGUUUCAAUAGGCAAACAUAAUUAAAAUUAAACACAAACAAACAAACAAACUUAACCUAACCAAAUCUUAGGACAAACCAUCUGAGUUUUAACUAAAUCAAAAACUCACUAAAAAAGACAAUGAAACAAAUUCACUAAAAUACUAACCCGUUGAGUGCCCAAAAACAUGAGCCUUUUUCCAACCUAAACGACCCAACAAAGUAAUUGCAUCCUUGGCAUGAUCUUUGUUCUGCACCCAACAAUCAUUCACCAAUAUUCAAAUUUCCAUUUCACUUUUUGUAAAUCAUUCAAAUUAACGUAUUGAUGACAUGUCUGAUGUUUAGAUACUGAUAUGACACCAAGCCAUAACAAACAGAAACUUUCAUUUUUUAUCAAAAUUAAGCAAAAAAGAAGCCAAACAAUAUAUCAUUCAAAUAAACAAUCUAAAACAAAUAAAUAAAAAAGACCAACAAAAACUUAAGAAUAAAAAUGGAGUAAACCUUGAUGAUCAGACUUGCUAAUGGGCACAGAGCUCCGACCCAUGCCCCGAUUGUCAAAAUCGCAAUCCUCGAUACCCCCACCAGGGACUCAUUGUCACCUACUCCAACUGUAUUUUUGGAAUAUGAGCUAUCUUGUCCCAAUCCUCCCCUGUUCCCUCUUUGCAUCGUUCCUUUAAUGUUGGGCAAUCAUUGAUUGUCAGAACCUCAAGAGAAGUGAGGUGUCUAAUACCCUCCGGAAAGCAUCGCAAUUCUUUACAAUUAGAAAUAUAUAGAUAUUGAAGGGAUUGCAGACCUUCCCAAUUUUGCUCAUUACAAUCAGAGAUACGCAGAUGCGUCAAAGCUUGGUUAAAGGGUUCAUUUUGUAACUCCUUCAGUGUUGGGAAAUCAUUUACAACCAGUGAUUGAAGAGAAGUAAGGUUUUUGAACAUCCCCUCUGGGAAGGAUGUUAUUCCUCUACCGUAAUCUAGGGAAAGCUCAGUAAGACCACGGAAGGUAGAGAUUGACCUCAGUAACUCAUUGUUACAUCCCAAUACAUAGAGGGAUUUAAGAGAUGGAAGACAUGGCACUCCAAGUUUAGGGCAAGCUGUGAUUCUCAACUCAGAAAGACAAGGAAACAUCUCCCCUCUUUCCACUUUCAAUAACCCCUCUAUGUUUGGUAGGCAUAGUAAAUGGAGUUCCUCCAGAGAUGGGAAAACCCUCACCUCCACACCAUCCUGAGAUUCAUCAUCAUCCAAGUAUUUCAGAUUAUCCAUAUCAGAUAAUUCCAGUUUUUUUAGAGACGGUAGUUUACCAAUUAACUGAAGUCGCACAACUUUCUUGCAAUUCCCAAGUUCAAGAGAAACUAAAUUACUAAGAAUAAUUAUCCAACUUGGUAAUGAUAAUCCGUCAUAGUAAUUUAUUUUCAAGCACUUGAGAUUUGAGUGAGGUUGAAGCACUUCGAGUACUUGCUGAGCACUAAUAGUUGGGGGAUUGGUAAAUCCAUAGUUGCUUUCCCAUGACAAGCAUAAUUCAUGAAGGUCUUUUUUACCCAUCAAAUCAGCCGCUUGAGCUUGAGAUAAACUGCCAAAAUCUUUUAAGCCUUCGAUACGCAGUUUUCCACCGAGGUUUAGAUCACGUAACUCUGACAAGCUAUUCCCUUUCUCUAAACUAACAAUGUACACACUUAAUGUUUUUAGACUAGUUAAUUUUCCAAUGUUAGGAAACAUUCGAGACAAAGAUAUACAAUAUUCAAUAACUAUAUGUCUAAGAUUUUGUAAGAAAGCCAAGCGUUUUGGGAGACAAAUCAGUUCACCACAAUGUUUUAUUUUCAAGGUUUCCAGUUUUUGUAAGUUGUAAAUUGAGUCAGGCAACUCUUGUAUGUCAAGAUAAAGAAGCUCCAAAUACCUUAAAUGAAUUAAACUACCUAGUAAUGGCCCCCGGAUAAAGGUUGUGCAUAAAACCCGAAGAGAAGGGUCUGUUGGGAAGUAAUCCUGUUCUUCUUUUGGAAAAGUAGAAAACUCAAACCAUGUUCGCAAGGAUUCAACUUUUCUGAAGGCACCCUCAUCGAAUGAUAACAAAUUAUCAGAGUUAAAACUUAUGUGGUGUGUGCUUUUUGACAAACUAGUCAUGUUUGCAUUCUCCAAAUAUAUACAUUCUUGCCCCAUUACUGACUUAGCGAGAUCAUGGACAAGAUCAUGCAUCUUGAAUGAAAUGUUGCCAGAAAAUUCAUCCAUUUUUUUGUCUUGAAAGAAUGAUUUUUGGUACAAUUCAUCCCAAACCAUGAUGCCAACAUCUUCAACCUCCGUAUUACCCCAAGAUGAAAUCAAUCCAUUAGCCAUCCAAAGCUGAAUCAAUUCUUCUUUCAAGAUUUCCCUAUCCUUGGGAAAUAUAGCACAAAAAGAGAAACAUUGCUUUAGGGUCGGUGUUAAAUAAAAGUAACUCAACCUCAAAGAACGCAAAAUAUAAUUUUCUUCUGGUAAAGCCCAAAGCUCAGUGUCUUUAAUAUCAAGCCAUUCCUUUUCUCCAUUCCUUGAGCUCAUCAAACCUCCCAAUGCUUUUGCUGCAAGAGGCAAUCCAUUACAUUUCUUUACUAUCUCCUUUCCUAUUGCUACAAGUUCUGCACGCUCUUCUCUAUAAUGUCCCAAUGCAUAUUCUUUGAACAACAACCAACAUUCACUAUCAGAGAGACCAGACAAAGAGUGAGCUUGGCAUGUUCCCAUGAUUGUUGCAACAACUUUAUCACGGGUGGACACUAAAAUGGAACUACCUUUUGAUCCACACGACAAAACAGAUUUCAAACGAUUCCAUCUAUCUUGUGUUAACCCAGAUUCCAAUUGUUCAUUUUGAUUCCACACAUCAUCCAAAAUCAGCAAAUAUAUUCUCCCUUGCAACAAUUCUUGCACCUUUCUUUGUAUUACAUCUGAAUCCAAGGCAUCACAUAUCUCUCCUGUAAUAUAUUCUAUAAUAGAACACAAAAUCCUCUUGACAGAGAAAGUCUCGGAAACACAAACCCAAGAUCUUAUGUCAAAAUAGUCCCUCACCCUAACAUCAUUGUAGACCAAUUGAACAAGAGUUGUUUUACCAAUACCACCUAAACCAACAAUGGGGUAGACGGAAAGGAAGUCAGAGUCCCUCGCAUGGGUGAGAAGAAACUCAAAAAUCUUUUCUUUAUCAUCUUUUCGUCCAAACACUUCUGGUUUAGCAAUAAUGGAGUUGAUUUGACGCCAUUCAUCUACUUCAUCUGAGCUUUCCCUAACAUAUACAGUACCAUCUCGUAGAAGAAAUUUGUUCUUAAUAUCAGCAAUAUCAUCCAAUCUUCUUGUAAUCUCUUUCAACCUGUUGCCGAUCUGACGGCGAAACACGAUGUUCUUUGGGUUGAAAGAGAAUGAGCCUCCAAGUCGAGCAGACUCGAUCGAACACUCAUCAAGGAUAUCAUCGAGCACAUAAACAGCAUCUUUGAGUUGUUGGAGCCAUACCUUAAUAUAGCUGUCUUUGACUUGUCUCUUCUCAGCAUCUACAAGAACAGCCUCGAUGUGAUUUAAGGAGGUUGAUAGGUUUUUGGCCUUUGACUUGAUUCCAGAAAUGGUAGAAAAUUCACUUUGUAGGAGAGAAUUCACUUUCUCAAACGCAGCUCUAAGUAAAGCUUCGGCCAUUUUUUUAGAAAAGAAAGAGUUGAAAAGUUAUAAGGAAAUGAGAAACUGGUUUAGACAGAAAGAGUGCUAAGGAGACGCAAGUAGGUGUUCAAUAAUUGAUGCAACUUGCAGAGUCCAUUACAUUGUAUUUUAUUGGAUUAACGGUGUUUUAUCUAGAUCAUUUUUGGAUUUAUCUCUUAUAAAAUAUUUUUUUGGUUUAAUUGCACUUUUCCUCUCUAUAGUUUGCCAAUUGUACAAUUUUGCAUCCCAUAGUUUUAAACUAGCGAUUUUGCCCCCUAUAAUUUUCCCCUUUAUGAUUUUAUGGUCCCCAUGAUAUUUAGUGUUGGUUUUUUUUUUAUCAAUUAAUGUGUGUCACGUGUGUAAUUCCAUUUUUUUAAAAAUAAAAAAAAUGGUAUUUUUUAGAUUUUGAGAAGGGGGCACGUGAUUUUUCAGAUUUUAAGAAAAAAUAUCACGUGCCUCCUUCUCUCAAAAUCGAUGGAAAGAGUUUGAUUGAACUACUAUAACGAGUGGUCGACAUAACAAUGAAAUACCUUUACUUUAUAACCCUCUAAAAAAAAUUUAAUUGAUAGUACUUUAUGUAACACUCCGUUUUCUAAACAUAAACAAAUUCAUAAAAAUAAUCAGAGUUUUUCACAUAAACGGAAUGCUACACUUCUUUUCUUAAAAAUCAUAAACGAAAUAAUUAACUAAUAAAUAUCAACAUAUAACAUAACAAAAUAUCACUCAUCAAAAUAAAUCGACUAAAUUAUAAAAAGUCAUUUAAACUCAAUAAAAUAAAUAAAUAAUAAAAUAGAGUGUUACAACUCUACCUUCUUAAAAGAAUUUCGUCUUUGAAAUUUAAAGCACAAGAGAAAAAUGAAUUUAAUUAUUGCUUAAAUAUCUUAAACUUUGUAUAACAAAAAUAGAAACUUCAACAAUACACAAAAUUCACAUUAAAGUUAAUCAGUCAAACAUGAUCACAUAAUAAAACAUCACCAUUAAUUAGAAAAAUACAACGACAAACGACUCAACUACUUGGCCGGUCGGACCGACCUGCUCUGAUACCAAUUGUAACACUCUGUUUUCCCAACAUAAAAAAAUUCAUAAAAAUAAUCAGAGUUUUCCACAUAAACGAAAUGCUACAAUUCUUUUCUUAAAAAUCAUAAACGGAAUAAUUAACUAAUAAAUAUCAACAUAUAACAUAACAAAAUAUCACUCAUCAAAAUAAAUCGACUAAAUUAUAAAAAGACAUCUAAACUCAAUAAAUUAAAUAAAUAAUAAAAUAGGGCGUUACACUUUAUACUACUCUUCAGUACUUGUCGCUUUUAGAGAAUAAUUUUAUUUCAUUUUACUUGUCACUUUUAAGUUUCAAUACAAAAUUAAUUAUUGGUUUGUCAAUAAUACCCUUAUCCAUUUAUUGAAGAAAGAAAAAUAAUAAAAUGAAAUAACAAAUGAUUAAGAGUAUUAUAGAAAAAAAAACACAGAAUUUCAUCAAAAAUAACAAAAUUUAUUUGGUUUCUUGGUAUGUGUAAAUUUCUCAAAAGAGAUAAGUAUUGUGAAAUGGAGAGAAUAAUAACUUUGUUUUACAUUUUAUUUAUAAGAAAUGCAUGUCUUUAAUUGUUUCGAAGUUUAAAAUGAAAAUAUUAUUUUAAAAUAAAAAAUAAUUGUUUGUUCAUGCAAACAUUGAAAUAAUAAGAAAUAAUUAUUUUCUACCUAAAACUCUAACAUUAAACAAAUUUAAAUUGAAUAAGGACUAAUAUUGAAUGUAUAAAUUUUUUAUAGGGUCUAAAAAAACUAUUAUAAUUAAGUAAGAACUAAACUGAAAAGGUCGCAAUUUUACAGGGACCAAAAACAUAUUUAACCCAAAAAAAUUAUUCACUUUUAGUUUAUAUUUACAUGUUAUAAAGGACUAUUUUGGAGUACUAAAUGUGCCCAUUUUUUGUAAAAAGUUUUUAAAAUAAUGACUAUUCUUACAAACUAUAUGGAAUAGAAGAUUAAAAUUACCUUAAAAUUUUAUAGAAACUAAACUUAAGAAUUUGUGAUUUUGCAGCGACUAAAAAUAUAUAUUUAAUCAUUUGUUUCGUGAGCAUAACUCAGUUGGUAGGACAAUACAUUAUUAUAUACAGGGGCCGGAGUUUGAACCCCGGACACCCCACUUAUUCACCUUAUAAGGUGAAUUCUAACCACUAAGCUACCUGACAAAAAAAUAAAAAAGAUUUAAUCAUUUAAUUUCAUACUUGCUCAAGUUCUCUCUCCAAAAAAGUCUAAUUUAUUGUACUAAUUUUAGAUAAAAUAAUAUAUAGGAGUUCUCUUGAUUCUUGAAUCCAAAAAUCACCACUGUAUCUCAAUUCUCACAAGCGUAGGUUAGGGUCUGUUUGGUUCGCGGGUUUUGAACGGGAGGGGAGGGGAAGGGAGGGAAUAUUUUAAAAUUUUUGUGAUUAGUUCAAUUUUUAGAAGGGGAUGAGAGGGAGAGGAAGGGGAACAAAAUCCCUCAUAUAAGCUCAUUUAUGGCUCCUCCUCAAAUUGAAGUUUUUUGGAGGGGAGGGGAGAGAAAAAGAGAUGAGUUAAUGCAAUUUUAAUUACAUUAACAUAAUUAUCCUCAUGUUUAUUUUUAAAUGACAAAACCGUCCUUAUUAAAAAUUUAAGUGUUUUCAACAUAUUGCUUAUUACUAUCUUUUUUGUAACAUGUCAAUGUCAAUUUUUUUUUUUUUAACGAGAAUUGCAUAUUCUUGUCUUCUAAUUAUUAUUUUUUACGUGAAUUCACUUUUUUUUUACUAACGAUGCUUUUAUUUUUUUUAUUUGGAUAUAUUUAUUUUGGGUUUGGUUAUGGUGCAUAAGGAUUUUCCUUAUGCACCCUGCAUAAGGAUUGCUAAUAGGGCCCAUUAAUAGUAGCCCAACAAAUUUUCUGCUUCCUACACCCCAAAAACAGAAAACAAGUAAAACUGGCAAAACAAAACAAACUAUUCAUUUCUUCAACAACCACCUCUCUUUCACCUCUCACCGGAAACCGUCGCCGUUAACCAUCGCCGUCGUUCUUCACCACUGUAUCAAUCGCCAUCAUUUCUCAAGGUCGUCGUUCUCCACCACUGUCUUGAUUUCCCCACCAUCGUCGUUCUUACUAUCGUCGUUCUUCACCUUCCACCACCAUCGGAACACGAGGUCCAUCGGAAACAACCUCCACCACCGGAAACACUAGCCGCCGUUCUUCAUCAACACAAGGUCGUCAUUCUUCACCACCGGAGACACCGUCGUUCACUACACCAGCUCUUCACCACCACCGUCGUCGCCGUUCACUUCCAACACCGUCGUUCACUUCCAACGCCUUCGUUCACUACAACAUCUUCAACAAACAGCAAACAUGUCGAAAUCAAAUCAGGUUUGCACUGAACUUCUUUAUUGAUCGUAAAUUUGAUUUUCAACCAAAACCAUUUUUACGUGGAAAUGGUUUCUAUGUGUUGUACACUAAAACCAUUUGGUGCUGGUAAUUUUUUUCUUUGGAUUAAUGACUCAAGUAUAUUAUAAUCAUCUGAUGCUGGUAAUUGAUUUCUUUGAUCCAGGUUAACAAAUCUAACGACGGGGGGCCAAUUCCAAACUUCAGUAUUGGACUUACGCAAUUAGAGCAAGAGCAAGCAUCUGAUGAAGAUAAAGGAAAAAAAAAGGGUAAAAAGAUGGAAAAAAGGGUAAGUCUUCAAUUCUAUUUGCUGUCAUUUUUAGUACGAGCAAUAAUUUCUUCGUUGAUUUUUUAGUACGAGCAAUAAUUUGUUCAUUAUGCUGCAAUGUUGUUCAAUUGAAAGGUAUAUUUCAUUGAUUCUGAAAUAAAUUGUUUUAUCUAUGUUUCUUUGAUGUUUUGAUUUCAUCAAUCUCAAUUUGUUGUUGUAUAGUUCAUGCUAUGUUUUUAAUUGUUGCUGGAUGUAUGCUCUAUGAUUCAUGUUUUGACUCUUCGUGCUUAACACUGAACUGCUAGUGAUAGUUAACCUAUGAUAUGAAGCAUGCACUCGGACACACACAGCGCUGAUACGACACGUCAGACACAAUUUGAGAAAAUUAGACAAUUCAAUGUAAUCACAUGUGUCCUGUCAUCAUUUGAUUUGAUACGCUAUGUAGCACGGACACUUCUAUUUGACGAGGAUUUGGUUUGUCUGAAUAUCCAUAACCAAUAAGAUCAAUAGAGUAUAUGCGGUGGGAUUUUGCUAGGUCUGGAAUAUUUUUCCUCCAGUGAUCACUGCAAUGAAGUGUAUUCUCAAUCACUCAAAAUAACUGCAGAACCAAACAGACCUAGCUAUAAGACCCUUACAAUAAAUAUGUGAUAUAAUAUGUGUCCUGCAUUUUCUAAUUGAAAUGAAAGAACAUGAAUGCAUGUUUCUUAAUCAAAUUUCUAGAUACCUCUAUUCAUGAAAAAAUUCAAGAAUAAAGAUCCCUAUAAUUUCUAAAUCUUUGCCUGAUAAAUUGGUUGAUGGUUUAUGAGGAAGGAGAGGUGAAAGAAGCUAAAAAGUUGUGACUUAUGAUGAUGAAUGGUUUUGUUAUCUGAUGGUUCUGUUGUAUGCUUCAUGUUUAGAAUGGUUCUGUCUGCUGUCAUUUACUCUGAUAUUGAAGACGUAGGCACAAUUGGUCUAUAUCCUCUUAUAUCUCUGUCUGCAUAGUCCACUUCGUCAUAACUUCAAUCUAAUUUUUCUUCGUCUAAUGGUGCUAAGUACUAGCUGAGGCAUAGUCUACUGUGUUGUGUCUUAUAUUUCAACACUGAUAUGAUGGAUAAAUGUAUCUAAUAUGAUAGAAGCAAAUAUCUGAAGACCAUAUGAUGCUGUUAGUUAUUCUAAUUGUUGCUCCUCCCUAUUAGCUCUCUUCCAUAUAUUUGGUUAUGCAAUAUAAGGUCUUUAUUCCAAGUUCAAAAAACAAGAAAAUGUGAGUGAGUAAUCACUUUUGAGAAAAGGAAUUCUUCACUGAACUCCAUCUACAAUUCACAAAUCACAAGAUACAUAAGUUUAGAAAAUUUAUGUGAGCCUAACUGAUAGGAAUAGGAUCACACAUAACAAAUUCAUGCACUGCUUGGACUUGCACAAUGUUGAAUGUUGGAAAUAACAUAUGAAUGGUGGAAUGGUAGUUCUGGGUGAGCAUCAAGUCUCACGAGAGGCUUCAAUCCAAGAGGAAAAAAAACUGAAUUGAAUUUGUCUUGAACUCUCUCUGCAUUUGUGUGUGUCUGCAUCGUCUUAUAUCUCUCUCUGGCCCACUUGAAUUUUUCUUAACUACAAAGUUUCAAUUGUUUCGUUGAACACUGAGAUGAUAAAUACAUGUGUUUGAUAAGAUAGAAGAAAAAAUCUAAUACUGAGAUGAUAAAGACCGUUGGUUAUUGGUAGUUAUUCUAAAUUUCUAAUAGUGACAUCUCUAUGUUAGCAAUAGUUUUAAUUCAAAAUACAAGAAAACAUGAGAGGAAACUUACAAGAGGAAUGUCUGAAGGUCUGUUCUUUAGAAACUUAGACAAAAUAUGUGAGUGUUCAUUAAACUAUAUAUCUAUAAUUUGCAAGAUCACAAUGUAAUCUGUUUCCUCUUAUGGUUCUGGACAUAACCCUUGAUUCUAAGGUGAACCACAUUAAUUAACUCUAAUUGAGUUCUUAUGUGUUUUGUUUUUUCACAGAAGUUCCAACCAUUGUACUCCAAAACCAUUAGAUGUAUUUAAUGGUUUUCUUUGCUCAUGCAGGUGAAAAAAACUAAAGAGCUAGAGCCAUUGCCAUCAUUUAGUAUUGGACUAACUCAAAUAGAAGAGGAGGGCAGGAAUGAAGAGGCUAAAAGUUCAGAUAUGGAAAAUGAGGAAAAUGCAAAGCAAAGACUGAGGCAUAAGAUGAGUAUACCUAAGGUAUAUGAUCUUAUGAAUUCAGUAAAUGGCAAACAAAGAAAGGAUGAGAUCAUUAACGUAUUGAAUGAAAGUGGCUUUGGGGGAAUGGUUCAUUUCUGAAUCUGUGUUAAUGCUUCAAAAGAUGUUUAUGAAUUUCGAUGAAUUUGCUCAAAAUUAGGUGUAUGGAAUACUGAAACCAUAAGUAUGGUAUAAUGGUUUUGAUAGUGUACUAGGUAAAACCAUACUUAUGGUGUAAUGGUUUUGAUCAAAAUUAUUAUAGGUACGUGGUUCUAAUGGUUUUCUAAAUAAAAACAAAUGUGAUAAACAGUUAUUUUAGGCCCAAGAAUGUUGAAUUUAAUUAAAAUUUGCUCAAAAUUAGGAGUAUGGAAUACUGAAACCAUAAGUAUGGUAUAAUGGUUUUGAUAGUGUACUAGGUAAAACCAUACUUAUGGUGUAAUGGUUUUGAUCAAAAAUUAUUAUUGGUACAUGGUUCUAAUGGUUUUCUAAAUAAAAACAAAUGUGAUAAACAGUUAUUUUAGGCCCAAAAAUGUUGAAUUUAAUUAAAAUUUGCUCAAAAUUAGGUGUAUGGAAUACUGAAACCAUAAGUAUGGUAUAAUGGUUUUGAUAGUGUACUAGGUAAAACCAUACUUAUGGUGUAAUGGUUUUGAUCAAAAAUUAUUAUUGGUACAUGGUUCUAAUGGUUUUCUAAAUAAAAACAAAUGUGCUAAACAGUUAUUUUAGGCCCAAGAAUGUUGAAUUUAAUUAAAAUUUGCUCAAAAUUAGGUGUAUGGAAUACUGAAACCAUAAGUAUGCUAUAAUGGUUUUGAUAGUGUACUAGGUAAAACCAUACUUAUGGUGUAAUGGUUUUGAUCAAAAAUUAUUAUUGGUACAUGGUUCUAAUGGUUUUCUAAAUAAAAACAAAUGUGAUAAACAGUUAUUUUAGGCCCAAGAAUGUUGAAUUUAAUUAAAAUUUGCUCAAAAUUAGGUGUAUGGAAUACUGAAAUCAUAAGUAUGGUAUAAUGGUUUUGAUAGUGUACUAGGUAAAACCAUACUUAUGGUGUAAUGGUUUUGAUCAAAAUUAUUAUAGGUACGUGGUUCUAAUGGUUUUCUAAAUAAAAACAAAUGUGAUAAACAGUUAUUUUAGGCCCAAGAAUGUUGAAUUUAAUUAAAAUUUGCUCAAAAUUAGGUGUAUGGAAUACUGAAACCAUAAGUAUGGUAUAAUGGUUUUGAUAGUGUACUAGGUAAAACCAUACUUAUUGUGUAAUGGUUUUGAUCAAAAUUAUUAUAGGUACGUGGUUCUAAUAGUUUUCUAAAUAAAAACAAAUGUGAUAAACAGUUAUUUUAGCCCAAGAAUGUUGAAUUUAAUUAAAAUUUGCUCAAAAUUAGGAGUAUGGAAUACUGAAACCAUAAGUAUGGUAUAAUGGUUUUGAUAGUGUACUAGGUAAAACCAUACUUAUGGUGUAAUGGUUUUGAUCAAAAAUUAUUAUUGGUACAUGGUUCUAAUGGUCUCAGAUAACACAAAUGCUCUGGUUUAUGUAAUGGAUGACAGUGAGCCACAUCCCAUCUAUAAAUCUUAUACACAUUCAAAACUUCAUCCAGCUUCAAAUAUAUUCCAGCUUUACAACCGACCCUUUCCUCAGGUUUUUCUUUCACUUUCACAAACUCAAUAACCAGUGGACUGUCUGAUGUUGGCCUGUUGUUAGGAUUAAGCAAACUUCCCUUCUUGUAACCUUGUUUGUUACAAACAUAACGCAAAUAAUGUAUCUUUUCUGAUUUCUUAUUUUGUGAAUUAUUCUUCGACUUCAACAUAGUCCUAAUAGAAAAUCCAGUGUUAUAUGCAUAAUUACCAUAAAAAUCUUCAACCUCUUUGAUAGAUUGAAAGACUAAAGACUUCCAUGAUUCUUCAUUGCUAGGGGAGUAACAUUCAGUAUGAAUCAUUGAAGAAGUUUCAACACUCAGUUGUCCACUCUCAGCAUGAAUCAGUGAUGAAGCUUCAACACUCAGUUGUCCACUCUCAGAUGAAGUUGAUAUCAAAUCCAUUGAAAACAGCAACAAACACUAUUAAGAACAAACAACCAUUAGCACAUUAAGCAUUUUUCAUUCAAUAUACAAAACGAUUAACACAUCAAUGCAUGUAAAUUUGCAGAUUAAGCAUUCAAGAUCAGAAAAGUAGACAAGGACUGAAAAAACUACAAACAAUAACACAUCAAUGCUCUUAUUUUUCAAUCUAAUAUUCCUAAAAGUUUCGCAUAAAUCUUUGCUUGACUUGAAUAAUGAGUUAUUCACUCUUGUUUAUCAUCGGCUUAAAUUCGAUUGUAUAGCUAUAAAUUCCAUUUUUCAUGGUUACAAACCAGGAAUAAAAGGACUCCUCUUUUCACUGCAUAUCAUAUUAGGUUCUAGAAGUGACAGUUUUUUGUGAUUGACAGUUUUAUGUGAUACAUUGAUUUUCAUAAGUUGUAAAUUUUAGGUAUCAUACAACUUUCAAUAAGUGUCCUGGAGUUUGUGACACAAGAGUUUUAUGUCUGAAACUAUAUAGAAAAAUAAACUUGUUUGGUUCUGACUAGGUUUGGAUAUUGUUUUUACAGAAAUCAAUUGUAGCAAAUAUAAGUUAUUACAUGAUACAAUAGUCCUCAAAUAUAGUAAAAUGUUAAUGUCUGACACUAUAUAGCAAAUAAACUUGUUUGGUUCUGAUUCUUAAUGCAUCUAAUUUUAGUCUCUUAAUGACACUUCACAUCAAAAUUGUAAGACUCUGAACAAUAAUUUUGUAAAUCAUGUUCAAUGACACUUCACAAGAAAAACUUUAUCUGCUGUUUCAUAUCCUUUACUGAUGGUUUCAGGUUGAGAAAGAAUUCUAUGUUGAGGAAUUAGUGUUUCCUUAUAAGCAAAAUCAUAAAUUCAACACAGAAAUAGAGAAUACAAACAAACAAUAAAUCUUUGCCUGAAAAAACUACAAACAAUAACACAUCAAUGCUCUUAUUUUUGAGGAAUUAGUGUUUCCUUAUAAGCAAAAUCAUAAAUCCAACACAGAAACAGGGAAUACAAACAAACAAUAAAUCUUUGCCUGAAAAAACUACAAACAAUAACACAUCAAUGCUCUUAUUUUUGAGGAAUUAGUGUUUCCUUAUAAGCCAAAUCAUAAAUUCAACACAGAAACAGGGAAUACAAUCUAUUGAAUUUAUUAAGAAAUUCAAUAAAUUCAAUCACAGGAACAGGGAAUGGUUCAUAAAUCACCAAAAAUGCAGGAACAGGGAAUGGUUCAUAAAUCACCAAAAAUGCGAAAUUGAAAACCGAUCAAACACAGAAAAACAUCACAAACGCAAAACCUGAAGGUUAAUCGGAGUUGAGCGAGCGGCGAGCGGCAGAGAAUGAGCGGUGAGCGGCGGUAGAGAAGCACUUAUGAGAUGAGCGGCGGCAAGCGGGAGGGUUGCAACAACAAUGAAUAGGCGAGCGGCGAGCGGCGGUAGAGAUUGAGAGGCGACGGCGGCAGAGAAGCGGCGAGCAGCGAUCGGCGAGGUGAGAAGAGGAAAAUGAUAGUAUGAGAUGUGAAGGAGAGUGUGAGCUGAGAUUAUUACACGUGUAAAACCAAUCUGAAGGUUGAAAAGAGCUUAUGCAGGGUGCAUAAGGGAAACCCUUAUGCACCAUAACUUAUACCAUUUAUUUUAUAGUUUUUGAUUGUAUUAUAUAUUAAAACAUAAUUAAUAAAAUUUGUAGAAGAUUUUUUUAUAAAUAUAUUUUAAAAAUAAUUUCUAACAAUAAAUUUUUUAUAAAUAUUUUUAUAUUGUACUAGAUUAUUUUAGAAGUGCUCUAAUAUUUAUGGAUAUCUAAUAUUUUGUUAGAACUUUUGUGUUUGAUUAUUUAUGGAGUUUUUGGUUACCGAGUUUUCAUGUUUAAAUUUUUAUGAACGGAAUAAUAUAAAAAUCAUGAUAUUGUUUUAAGGCUAGAGGGAUAAAAAAGUAAUUUGGUUUUAAAAUCCAUCCCAUUCCCUUAUGAAUCAAACAUAUAUUUAAUUAAAAUCUCUUCCUUCCCCCUUCCCUCCCAUCAUUUGAACCAAACAUAUAUUUAAUUGAUAUAUCUCCCCUUCCCCCCUCCCUUUCCCUCCCUUCCAUUAAAACCCCUCCCCUUCCCUCUGUUGAACCAAACGGACCCUAAAGAAUUAUAGACUGGUACGUUGUGAGUAGUGCACAAACGUGAAAAAGGAUUGAUGUGUGCUUUUGAAGACCGCUAGGGUUUUACGGCACCGCUUGCGAUUGCACUUGCCCUUAAUUCCAUCAAUUUUGAAUUGAAGUUCGGUUGGUGUUUUAAUCCAAUCGGUUACCAUCCAAUUGGUGUUAAACCUUUAUCAUCAUCAAUUUGUUUUAGCAAUUGUGGGGCUGGUGGUUCAAAGGUAUCACGUAGAAGUUUUUGAGUUACUAGCUUUCAACGAAGUCCUUUACAACAAGUUAACAAGUUGCUGCAAUUGAUAAUUGUAUGUCACAUUUUGGCUCUGUUUGGUAAACAUAACGGAUAACUAUAAGUUCGUUGAUAGCUUAUAGCUGAUAGCUUUUAGCUGAUAGCUUUUAGCUGAUAAAUGUAAAAUGACAUAAAGGGUAUUCUUAAUUCAUAAUAAAAAUUAUAUCAUUAAUUUAAGUAUUUGUAAUUUUGUAAACUAAUUUUUCUUUCAAAAAAUACUUUAAAUUUAUUAAUUUAAUAUAUCCUAUGUAUUAUAAAUUAAAUUAAAUUUUAUUCACUAAAAUUUUAUCUUAUAUUUAUUAUCAUUUAAGUGUUUCCACUUUAUAAAGAAAAUAACAUUUACCUCAAAAAAAAAAAAAAAAAAGGUAGCACUAAUAGAGUAAUACUAAUAACAGAGAAUAAAGAAAAUAACACUUACCUCAAAAAAAAAAAAAAGUAACACUAAUAGAAUAAUAGUAUUUUGUUUCGUAAAAAAAAAAACGAAGGUAUAUAUUUUUUCAAAAAAAAAAAGAAAGAAAAAGGCCAGCUGCUAUAUAUACAAAAAUUGGAAUAAAGGGAUAGUAGUCUUUAUUACGUAGCUUAUUAUAAAAAUUAUAAUGGAUAAAAAUACAAUUUAAAUGAAAUAAUAAGGGUAAAAUUGGAAGAAAAAGUGAGAAGAUAUAAGCUAUAAGCUCAAACGCUACUUGGAAUAGCUUCUGAAAAAUAGCUUAUAAGCUCGUGAAAUAAGCUAUAAACUCAUGGUGAAAAAGUGUUACCAAACAGAGCUUUUUUUGUCAAACGAGCUUAUAAGCUAUAAGCUAAAAGCUAAAAGCUUUUUUUUUGGGUUUCCCAAACAGACCCUUUGGAACCAAGGAAUCACGACAGGUUUGAAUUACGACUGCCCUAGCUCCGGUGUGGCUUUGCCAGCCUCAGCCAUGUUUGACUGACUGGCAGGCAGAGCUAGCGCCUCCAACCCUCAACUUUGGAACCAAGGAAUCACGACAGCUUUCAACAGUGCUCGCACCCACACCUGUUAAGUCUAUUGUCGCUCCUACGGUUCAGAUGACAUCAGUUGCACCUAAGCCCUCGUUUGAUCAGGUCCUACGUGGUAAUACGAUACUGUCUGACCCUCUCCCGGUGCCUUCCAUUCGUGGUGAAAUAUUAUCUGUCAAAAUCACGGAUGAUGUCUAUUUUUGUGAACUAGAUGCUUGCAAAACCAACCUUCGAGGUCGGUUGCUUCUGAACAAAGGAGAUAAGCCUUACUCCUCCAAAGAUCUUGCUGACAAAUUACAGAAGUUGUGGAAAGUGAAGGAGCCAUGAAAUUUGACGUCCCUUGGACAGGGUUAUUAUGAAAUUUUCUUUAAUUCACAAGAGGACAUGCGAACCGUUUGGGUAGACGGUAGUAUUAGCUUGAAGCCAGGCUUACUCGGAUUAUUUGAAUGGACAAAAGACUUCAACAUGCACACGCAACGACAAACUCACACUCAGGUUUGGAUUCGGUUAUGGGAAUUACCACAGGAGUACUGGAUGGAGAGAACCUUAUAUGAGAUCACAGGGGCGGUGGGAACUUCGUUACUCAUUGAUAAUGUGACUAGAAAUAAACUUUAUGGUCAUUAUGCCGCAUUUUGGUUGACAUGGAUCUUUGGAAAGAUAUUUUUAAGGUUCUGUUUGGUUAGAGACGCUUCCAGCUAAGUUGCAUAUUUCUUUCGAGACAGAAUUGGUCUACCCAAUAUAGAUUUCUUUUGUUCUGUUUUUUUUUCUUUUUUUUCCGAGAGUUUUGGCCUAGUCUCCCUUCUUUCUUGUACAUACUUUUUUCCUUUUUUUUUAAUUUUAUUUUAUUGAAUUUAGAGUUUGGCAAAAAUAGGACCGAGGCUUUCCGGGGUGCCAACUUAGUUACGAUGUCGGUGUUGUCUCCUGAUGUCUGACUUUCUCCUGCUGAGCAAAGAAAAAAAAAAGUGCACAAACGUGGAAUGGAAUAAUAAGCAUUACUACAAUUAAAUGUUAAUAUUAAUUUUAAAGGUUAAAUAUGUUUUGGUCCCUGUAAAUAUAUCAAAUUUUUCUUUUAGUCAUUCUAAAAAAUUUCAUUGAUUUUUAAUUUUUUUAAAAUUUUCAAACACCACUUUUGAUUCAUAUUUUUAUGUCAAUUCAUGUAAUUUUUAAUGAAAUUGUGCAGAAAUGUGUAGAAUAUUGUAAACAUUUAUUCGAAAACAUAUUUGAUUUUUUAGAUGUUCAUAUAACAUCACUAAAUUUUAAAGAACCCUAUUUGCAGAGACUAAACACAUUUAUAUUAUUAAGGUGUUGUUAAUUAAGGAGUGCCCCCGAACACUCUUUUAGGAUCACAAGUUUGGAAAAUAUUCUUUCAAAAAAUCAAAUAUUACAAAUUUUAAUACAUUAAUAACAUACAUUUUUAUAAAAAGUUACUACUAUUAAAAGAUCUUAAAAGAAUACUCUUGGAGCAUUGAUCUUAUCAUUUCCCUUAUUUGGAGUAAAGCUCUUAAAACAAAUAAAUUAUUUGGAGUAAAAUUGACUUGGGUCAAUAUGGAUUGAUUAUUAUAUUGCAAUAGACUUGCGUGACUAUCUGUAUUUUGCAUUUUCGAUAAGGAAAGUGUUGACUGAAUGAAAUCAAUACUCCAAAUAUGAACCAUCAAUGGAUAUACGACGUGUUCAUAAAUUUCAGAGGGGACGACAGUCGUAAUAGCUUGGUUUCUCAUCUGUACGCUGCUCUCUCAAACGCGCGAAUCAACACAUUUCUUGACGAUGAGAAGCUUCACAAGGGAUCGGAGCUGCAACCACAACUAUUGAGAGCAAUACAAGGGUCUCAGAUCUGUUUAGUUGUUUUCUCGGAGAAUUACAGUAGAUCUAGUUGGUGUCUUCUUGAACUUGAAAAAAUCAUGGAAAACCGUGGUACUCAUGGUCAAAUAGUUAUACCAAUAUUUUACCAUAUUGAUCCAGCCAUUGUUCGUCGUCAGUUAGGUAAUUUUGGAAAAGCUUUAGAAAUUACAGCUAAAAAAAUGCAAUCAAAAAGGGAGAAGCAAAAACUGUUGUUGCAGACGUGGAAGUCUGCUCUUAGCCAAGCUACAAAUUUAUCUGGCUGGGAUGUCACCUCUUCCAGGUAAAUCAUUUUCUUCUUCUUUUUUUUUUUUAAUAAUUUUAUUUUUUAGAAUCAGAAUGAAUUAAUGUUUUUAAGUUUUUUUUCUUUCACUAUAUUCAUAUUAUAAUUACUGUGUGGUGUGUAAAAAAAAGAAAGAAGCUAGUAUGUGUUAACAAAUGUUUCUGACAAACCAUUUUUUAUAAUAUACGUCAUUUUGGUCACUAUUAUAAAAUUAUAAUACUGAGUUAGCAGAAACAAUGCAUUUUUAUAUGCAGAAAAUGUAAGGAUUAUUCUUCAAUGCAUUGUUUUUAGUCCCAGUUAUUUAUUAAAAUGUAAUGAUUAUUCUUCAAAGUCACACAAAAUUUAGGGAUCAAAAACAUAUUUAACUCUAAAAUAAUUGGGACCCACUAACUAUCACAUCAGCAUUCCGUUGGAGAAUUAACAGCUGAGCCUAAUUUUGAUAACGGAGACAAAAUGUGAGGAUUUUAAAAACAUUAAUGAAAUGUAGGGACUAUUCUUCGAAGGAGCGUAAAAUGUAAGGACUAAAACCAUAUUUAACCCUAAUAUUUACUAGAUCCAAUAGCUUUUCAAAUAAUCUAAUUUUUUUUUUCUUCUUAUAAUAAUAACCGAAUUGUGUAACAUUCUUAUAAACACAUUUAUUUUUUGAAGGAUAUAAACACAUUUAUUUAAAAGUAUAAUUCAAAGUAUAAAAAAGUCGGUCCAAAAUUCCUAUAACUUUAUAUGUUGUUAACUGAUGAUAAUAAUAAUAAUAAUAUUCAUUGAAUUUGAAGGAAUGAAAGUGAACUGGUGCAAAAAAUUGUUGAGGAGGUAUUGGCAAAGCUAGACAACACAUUCAUGCCUCUUCCUGAGCACACGGUUGGACUAGAGUCCCGUGUUGAGAAAAUGGUUCCAUGGAUUGAAAAUAAUUCAACAAAGGUUUGUAUGAUAGGCAUAUGGGGAAUGGGAGGGUUGGGUAAAACUACGGCAGCCAAAGCCAUCUACAAUCAAAUUCAUCGCAAAUUUGUGUACAGAAGUUUCAUCGAAAAUAUUAGAGAAACUUGUGAAAGGGAUAGCAAAGGCGGAUGGCAUAUUUGUUUACAACAACAACUUCUUUCAGAUCUUCUCAAAACAAAGGAGAAGAUACACAACAUUGCCUCUGGGACAAUUGCAAUCAAGAAAAUGCUCUCUGCAAAAAAGGUGCUCAUUGUACUUGAUGAUGUGACCAAAGUAGAGCAGGUAAAAGCCCUAUAUGAAAGUCGUAAGUGGUUUGGUGCAGGAAGUGUAUUAAUUGUUACAAGCAGGGAUGCACACAUACUUAAGUCACUUCAAGUUGACCAUGUCUAUCCAGUUAACGAGAUGGAUCAAAAGGAGUCCCUCGAGCUUUUCAGCUGGCAUGCGUUUAGACAGGCAAGUCCAAGAGCAGACUUCAGUGAGCUCUCAAGUAGUGUAAUUAAGUACUGUGGAGGACUACCCUUGGCUGCUGAAGUCAUCGGAUCUUAUUUAUAUGGCAGGACAAGAGAAGAAUGGACAAGUGUGCUAUCAAAACUAGAGAUAAUUCCUGACCAUCAUGUGCAAGAGAAACUAAGAAUAAGCUACGAUGGUCUAAGUGAUGGUAAGCAAAAGGAUAUAUUUCUUGACAUAUGUUGUUUCUUUAUCGGCAAGGACAGAGCUUAUGUUACUGAGAUUCUAAAUGGCUGUGGACUUUUUGCUAGUAUUGGAAUAUCUGUCCUCAUAGAGCGGAGCCUCUUAAAAGUUGAAAAGAAUAACAAGCUUGGAAUGCAUGAUUUAAUAAGAGACAUGGGAAGAGAAAUUGUUCGUCAAAAUUCAGAAAAAGAUGUUCGCCAAAUUUCAGAAAAAGAUCCAGGGGAGCGUAGUCGGUUGUGGUUUCAGAAAGAUGUACAUGAUGUUUUGACAAAUAAUACUGUAAGAACUUUCUCCAUAUACAAUUUGAAACUUUUGAAUAUCCUCUGUAAUCUUAUGAAAAUUAUAAAGUUCUCUUUGUUAAUGAACUGAUUUGCUCUUCAUAACUAUUUGCUGAAAAAUCUUCAUGUUUGUUACAAGUGUGCUUGGGCCACAGCCCACAUCUGCCGUUUUGUUGCCACUGUUCUAGCAAGUAAACGAAAAACAUUUCCCCUUACUUUUCUUAGUUUUUUCUCUUCACACACAGGGAACAAAAACUGUUGAGGGUUUGGUUUUAAACUUGGAAACAACAAGCAGAGCUAGCUUUAAUACUAGUGCUUUUCAGGAGAUGAAGAAACUGAGACUUUUACAACUUGAUUGUGUUGACCUCACUGGAGAUUUUGGGUUUCUUUCCAAACAACUGAGAUGGGUCAAUUGGCGACAAUCUACCUUCAACCAUGUUCCCAACAACUUUUAUCAAGGAAAUCUAGUUGUUUUUGAAUUAAAAUAUAGCAUGGUUAAACAAGUUUGGAAGGAGACCCCGGUAUAAUAACAUUUUCUUUAAAAUUCAAAUGCUCAUGACAAUAGAAUCUGUUGCCACUCUUUCAUUUCUGAUUUUCAUCUCUAAUUUUUCUUUUAAAUGAUUAUUUUCUUGCAGUUUCUGGACAAGCUAAAAAUUCUCAACCUCAGUCAUUCCAAGUACUUGAAAAACACCCCUAACUUUUCAUUAUUACCGAGUCUAGAAAAGCUCAUUAUGAAGGAUUGUCCAAGUUUGUCCGAGGUACACCCGUCCAUUGGAGAUCUCAAUAAUCUUCUUCUGAUAAAUUUUAAGGAUUGUACAAGUCUUGGCAAUCUACCAAGAGAGAUAUCUCAAUUGAUGUCUGUGACAACUCUCAUACUUGAUGGUUGUUCAAACAUUACUGAAUUGGAAGAAGAUGUAGUGCAAAUGAAAUCCUUGAAAACUCUAAUGGCAGCAAGAACUGGUAUAGAAAAAGCACCUUUUUCCAUAGUUAGUUCGAAAAGCAUUGUUUAUAUAUCCCUGUGUGGAUUUGAAGGAUUUGCACGUGAUGUUUUUCCUUGUCUCAUACGGUCUUGGAUGUCACCAACAAUAAAUUCCUUACCACAUAUCCCUCACAUGUCCUUGGGUGUAGAGAGUAAUGAUUUGCGUUUGGGCAAUCAAUCAUCAACGCUUAGAAGCUGUUCAACACCUAGAAGUGUUUGGGUACAAUGCUGCUCCGAUAUUCAAUUAACUGAAGAAUUAAAAAGAUUACUUAAUGAUCUAAACAGUGUGGAUUUUACUGAAUCAGAAACUUCACAUGCAUUACAAAUCUCAGAUCUAUCAUUGAAAUCUUUUGUUAUUACUCUUGGCAAGAGCUUAUCACAGGUUCCUUCUCUAUCCUUUUAGUCUCACAUGUACUGAUAUCUAUUGUUAAUUAAGAGAACACGAUGAUAUUUUCUGUUUGCAUUUUUUUCUUUAAAUGGUUAAAGUUUCUUGAAGAUACAAAUUUAUUCAGUCAGACGUGUACCAUUGAAGUGAAAUAAUUUUUUAGAUAAUUACACCCUCUUAUUUUUUACUAUACGUGUCAUAUUUUUUAUAAUCAAUCUGGUUUUAUGUCUGGGAUGUUUACCAUUGAAGCAAUCUACUUACUGCAAAAUGUAAUGGAGUGAUAUCGGAUGGAUAAGACUUCCACUUAGUUUUCAUUAAUUUGGAGAAGACAUAGAUAGAGUGCCUAGAGAGAUUUUGUGGAAAACUCUCGACAAGAAAGGGGUUAAGACUGCCUACUUUUGAGCUAUCAAGGAUAUGUGUGGGAGGUUCUCGACUAGUGUGAGGACACAGAGUGGGGUCACAAGAUUUUCCCAUAACAAUAGGACUGCACCAAGGGUCCAUUCCAAGUCCUUAUCCUUUUUACUUUGGUUUUGGGCUUACUUAGGGAGAGGAAAAAGAAAAAUUAUAAGAGAUAGUAUUAAAAACAACAAUUAUUUUUAUGCAAUAAACAAAGCAAAUGAGUUCAAGCACGGUAUAGCUGCUAGGAAAGAAAGGCGUAAUAGAAAAUUAUUCAUAGAGAUAACAAAACCCUCAUCUACUAGAAAAGUUGAGGUUCCUUCCCUUUUCUAAGUCCUAGAUGACAAAACUCUCAACUGAAAUUUAGUGAUAUCAUUAUUAUCUUACAGAUGGAAAUUACCAAAACUUUUAAGUUGAGAUAUUAACUAGCAUAUGGAAAGUGAAAAGAAGUAUAAGAAAAGGUUAAUUAUAACAUGAGAAAAUGGUCAUUGGCCAAUUACAAGUUAAAAUCUGUGUAUGGCAUAUCAGUAUUUCAAGGGUUCUGCAGCUAUUAUAAAAGCAUUCUGCUAUUGAUGUGAGUGUUACAAAACUAUUGCCUCAUUGCUUUAAAUCAGUUUCUGUGUAUAUUUUUAUUUUUAUUUUUCUGUGUAAUGCACUAUUUUUACACUAUAAAUGGCACAAAAAUGUCUAUUAGCAUGAAAUAAUUACACAACUAACUCAACAUAUGUUCAUGAUACAGGGAUUAACAACCACAACCACUGGUUCCAAUGAUUGUUUUGUUCUGGUUAACAAUUAUCCUUCUGGGUUAUCUUAUACAUGUACAGGACCUUCAGUCCGAUUUCGAGUGCCUGAGGAUAGUGAUUGUCACAUGAAGGGAAUUACUUUAUGUGUUGUUUAUUCAUCAACAUUUGAAAACAUGGAAACUGAAUGCCUCGUUGGUGUUUUGAUUAUUAAUUAUACAAAAUUCACUAUCAAUUUAUACAAGCGAGACACAGUAAUGUCCUUUAACGAUGAAGAUUGGCAGGGUGUAAAAUCAAAUUUAGGAGCUGGUGACAAUAUGGAGAUUUUUGUAGCUUUAGGGAAUGGUAUGACUGUUAAAGAAACAGGUGUCCAUCUUGUACAUGGCCAAUCAAGUACUAUGGAAGUUGAGUCGUCGUCAAUGACCAUGGAAGUUGAGCAAUCUAUUAUGGUAAAAAUGGAGCCAUUGCCCGAAGUGGAAGUGCAAACGCAGCCUAAUGUGAAAAUAGAUCCAUCACCUGAAGAGGAAGUACAAUCAUCCCUUGAUGUGAAAAAUGAGGCAUCACUUAUUAUCCAGAAUGAACCAUCACUGGAGCCAUCGCUUACUGUCCAGGACGAGUCAUCACCGAAGCCAAAUGAAAACAUCUUUGCAAAACUUGGAAAGAGAGUUGGUAAAUGUGUAUGCUUGAAACUAUAGAAUAGGGAUCUCAGAAAUUUAUGAUUGCCCAAUUGGGCACACUUUGUCCUAAUAUCGAAAUACCUUCCUAAAUAUUAUCAUCUUAACGACUUUACCUGUAUGUUUUUGUAGGAUACUCAUCUAGUUUUGAACUGCAUUAACUACUUAUUUAUAUAUUACCCAUUUAUCAUGUAAAUGUAAACAAUAAAUAUCAUGACAUCCUCUAAAAAAAAAACAAUUGGAUAGAAAGAUAAACUAAUGAUCUAUCCUGAAGAGGAAACUUAAGAAAAUCGACAUCAUUUGUUUUUAAUACCAUUUCACCAACAUGUGGCACAAUUGGAAAAACAUAUUAGGAGAUGUGAACUCAACUCUUUAAAUGCAUCUCAAUUAUUUUUAUAUAUUAGUUUUCACAGUUAUGUGGGGAUAAACUGGUUUAUCAAAAAAUUAAUACCACUUCUAUUUUUUAAUGCUUUUAAUUUAGUCACUAAAUUUAGGCAGAGAAGACAAUAAAUUAAUGAGAAAUGAUAUUUGUACAUCCAUUUUAUGAUAAUUUUUGUACAAUCUUCUCUCUCAUACUUACAUUAUCUUUUUGGGAGGGAGCUUGGACUAUGCUAAUGUCAGUUUUUAUAUUAGUAGUAUGUGAAACUUCCAUCGUAUUGUUUGAUUCAAUUUAUGUGGUUCUGAAAAUGUUGUUAAGAAAUUCUCAUGCGUGGUAUCCUGCUUUAUGAUUUAAAAAUUUAAAAAAACCAAAAAUCAGUGUCAGAUUUCGAAAAAGUUACUCCCUUCACCCAAGUUAACCCUCCAAGGUCAAUGGGGAAGGCGACGGUGCAGGGAAGGAAUUAGUGAAUAAAAUUGUUAGGUCAUGUAUUGUUUUCGAUCAAAUCGCAAAAACAAAACAUCAACUUUGGCCUGAAGCAUUGAACCCGCUUCCUGAAAUUUAUUUCAGAUUAGACGACUAUCCAUCAAAUUGUUUAGUCCAAAAGCUCUUGAACCGAUCUAUCACCUUGCAUCUAAAAGAGAUUGCAAUCCAAAAAAAUAAAAUUGUAAUAAUAAAAAAUGAGAUUAAAAUAAUCUUUUUGAUAAUUGAAUGUGUGAGGUGAUGUCAUUAUAGAAUUUGAAUGCAUGAAUAUCACAAAAACAUCUCAAAGUGCUUUUUGUUAGUAAUUUUAUGGAUGAAAUUGACUAAUGAAAAACAUUUUCAAGAACCAAGCAAAAAAGAAAGACUUUUGAAGACCAAACUCAAUAAAAAAAAUAUGUAUUUCAAUAAUUUUUAUUAUUUCGAUACAUUUUUUUAUUUGAAUCAGCAACAUUUAUUAGGCUCGGCUAGCACAAGAUGCACUUAACCGGCGAAGGAGGAAAAAGAGUACAAAUAGGCACUACAAAACAGACCGCAGCGCACUACCAAAGACAAACUUGAUAAAAAAAAACCCCUAAGAGCCCAAUUCCAACCAAAGGAGGACUCAAACAACAGCAUAAAAACAACAAGAACGAAAUACAAGUGGAACGCUUAAACAACAAAAAACGCAGGCUGCCAAACACACACAACCACCAACAACAGAAAACAGCUCCCAAAAAAACCAGUCAACAAAAGCUAUCUCACAAGGCACGCCAAAGGGUUCCAACACCAUUCGUAGAAAAGGAAAAGCAGCGCUUUUUAAACGACUUAGACACCACCGCCACGACAAAACUUUAAUAUCAUCCACCAACUCCAUCACCCCCGUCUCCUUAGCAUUGAAAAUUUUAUCAUUCCUUGCCUUUCAUAUCACCUAAAUAGUCGCAUGCCAAAUGAGUCUAAGUCCUCGAAUGAUCUUCUUGUUCGACGAAACCGCAUUCCAACACGCCCAAUGGAUGAACAAGUUUUGAGGAAUGAUGAACAUAAAACCCACCCAAUGGAGAAGUUCUAACCAAACACCUCUCGCAACCUCACAAUGCAUAAAAAGAUGAUUCGUGCUUUCGUUAUCCCUUCCACACAAAACACAACUCAAAUUAAUAUCUGGAGAAAGGGCGUUCCUUCUACGAAGGUUGACACGGGUAGGGAUACGGUCUAACAACAUCUUCCACGAAAGAGCCUGAUAGUACUCAAAAGUAAUAUAUUUCAUGUGUUAAUUUAGGCAUUUUAGUGACUUGUUUUGCAAGUUAUCUAAGGAAAAACUACCAUUUAUCGUAAUUUUGCCAUUUAUGCUUUACAUGUCUUACUCUACUCAAUUUGUGCAGGAAAUGACAAGCAAGGACCAAGAAACCACUUUAUGAGCCAAGCCAAACUCGCUUAAGCGAGAAAGUUCCAGAGAGCAGCCAUCCAUCUCGCUUCUGAGCCGUGGUUUUAUUUCCGAUGCGUUGUUUGGUGAGAACUAUUUAACUCUCGCCCUUGACGAGCUUGUUUGUAUCUUUUCUAUGAUUUAUCUGAAACAUAAUGAUACUUCCACACUUCCAAAGUAACCAACAAAAUAAAUAAUGAAGUUUUAAUCAUAUCCAAUCAUUUUCAAUGGGAAUUAUCUAUUCUUUGUCUUAGCUUACCCAUAAUUUCUACUCUUCUUCAUAUUCUCUUUUAUUUUACUAAAUUCAAAAUCUUUUAAUCCUUUUCUUCUUUCUAUUAGAUUGGAACUAAGUCUUCUACUCUAUGAUACUACUUCUCUUAGAUCAAAAUUCGCUACAUCCCUAUUUAGAUUUGAACUAGCUGGCCCAUUUCAUUCUUUUCUGUUAUACUCCUUCUCUUAACUUGGAAAAAAGCAUCGCCUGCUAUCCUACUUUCUACUUCUCUUCAUGCUCCUAUUAGAAAUUUGAACUAAGUCAUGCAUAUUUUAUUCAUUCUCCUUCUACCGUUCAUCCAUCCCAUGAAGUGUAAAAUGUAGUUGCUGACAUUAUAGGCUAUAGAGAAAUAAUAAGAGCUCACUUAUAUAAAUGAGUUGCACAUAACCACAUAUUAUGUGUAUAUGCACCAAAUAAUAGUUGGAAAAUAGAUAAUAUCGAUUAAAUUGUAUAACCAAAUUUUGUCUCAAAAUAUGAACUCUUAAGUUGUUAUUAAUUACUUUUCAAAUGCCGCAAAUGUAUAAUAAUUUUGACACAUAAAAUCGGAAAGACAGAACCUGAGCGUUAAUUCUCUCUUUUGAAUGAAGUGUUAUGUUACAUAGAAUUAUAGAGUUCUGGUGUCGCCGACUGUGAUCCAGAAGUAUGUCAUUAAUGCACUGCCUGACGCCAACCUUGAUCCUGCAUAAGAUACGCAAAGUCUAGCUUGCAAUUAUUAGCACAACCAUCUCUCAAGAACACCUCUGGAACUAUAAUACAAAUGUGAUAUUCACUAUAGACAAAGCGAAAACAGUAGAAUAUUUAAAUUGAAUGGAAGUUAGUGUCACAGAAAAAGCUUCUACUUGCUGCCAGAGAAGAAACAAAUUUGCAGUAGAGAUAUAUAGUGGAUUUCUAAAUUCUUCUAACUAGUAACUUUAUCCAUAAGAGCAACAUUGUUAAUUUUGACCAUGGGGUAUCGUGAUUUAUAGUCUUGUAAAUCCAACAUCAUUCAAUGAUAUAAUUUGUAAAUUUAUUCGAACUGAAAGACAUGUAUAAAAGGCUAACUUGUGUAGUAAUGAUUUAAAUCAUUGAUGGUGUGACUGUCAUCAACUAACGAAUUUGGUUAAACACGCAUUAAUAUCGAUAAUAUAUAACCUGGAGGAUGUUGUUCUGGUUGCGCGGCGCUUCAUGUGUUUUGAGCGUUAAUCUGAGUUCCUGUAUUUUAGAAAUUGAUAUAUUUUCCUAGCAUUCAAAAGUUGUUAGAUAAUAUAGAUAAUAUCAUCUAUAAACAAGGAAGUCGUUUACACAAUACAGAGGUUGUUUUAGUUUAUCAUUUAAAACUGAAGUGUAUCUAAAAUUGUGCAAAUUUGAUCAAGGACUUGUGGAACUGAUUUAGCUCUAGAUCGAUAGCGACGAGACUGACAUGAAAGCGUUUUACAGGAAAUUCGUUACACCAAGGGUUUUAAUAAAUCAAUCAAACAAUUUCAAAAUUAUGCAAAACAACAGUAGACAGUAGCAAAACUGACAGUUUGCUAUGAGAAGGCUCUCAAGGUUAGUAUUUACAGUCAUAAGCGGGUUGGAUAAACCCUAUAUUCUAGGCAUUUAGUUACUUUGAUAAGAAUAACUAUCAGGGGUUCUAGCUGCUUUUAGAAUGUGCUCAUUCGUGAUGCCUGUAAAGGUGCCACCUUUGCUUGCUUCGAGCCUUUAGAAGGGUGCUUAUGAUCAUCUGAGUCCUUAUGAAGGACAUUGUGUCCUUUAUCCGGGUUUUCCCAGUCCAUUAUGAAAUUAAAGAAAGAAAAAAGGCUUCAAUCAGUCCUUUUCCCAGUCCUUUAUCCUCCUUUGCUUGCUUCGACCCUUUAGAAGGGUGCUUAUGUCACCAGGUACUCAUUUUUUUUGUAUUCCAAAUAUUAAAUUUGUCAUAUAAAAUCUUAUGCUUGGUUUCAUUUCAUGUAUCAGAAUUUAAAGAGGACAUUCUUGUGCAAAUGUGCUGACUCUAGCAUACCAAAGUCUUGGAGUAGUUUAUGGUGACCUAAGUACUUCUCCUCUUUAUGUAUACAAGACCUCAUUCUCAGGGAAAUUGAGCCUUAAAGAAGAUGAUGAAGAAAUUUUUGGGGUGCUUUCAUUUAUCUUUUGGAUAUUUACUAUUAUUGCUCUCUUCAAAUAUGUUUUCAUUGUCAUGUCUGCUGAUGAUGAUGGAGAAGGUACAGUCUUCAAUCAUUGAUGUUGCUUAAGUCUGUCUUCUCAAUUAUAAGAUAUCAUUUUGGAAUAAAUAAAAGGACUAAUAUUGUCUCUCUUAAUUAUAUAUUAGGAUAAAUAGUUAAAUCUUUGUUAGAAUCAAUUGCAGGAGGCACCUUUGCAUUAUACUCACUUCUUUGCAGACAUGCAAGACUAAGCAUUUUGCCUAAUCAGCAACCAACAGAUGAGAAUUUAUCUGCUUAUUCCACAGAAGAUUCUGCCGAUACAUGGCAAUCUUCUCUUUUGAAGCUGUUCUUUGAAAAGCAUCCUAGAUUCCAGAAAGGACUGUUAAUAUUUGUUCUGUUGGGAACUUGCAUGACGAUUGGUGAUGGUGUGAUUACUCCUGCAAUAUCAGGUAGUUUGAUCGGGAGCAGCCCCUCUCAGCUUCUAUUAUUAUGUUUACUUGAUACUUCCUGUACGCUUUGACCUUAAUAUCAGUUCCAGAUUACUUGUUGAACAAGUAUACAGGAGUUUGGUCUUAUAAAAAACAGAAUUGUUUAAAUAUGUGUUUUGUCCCUGUAAAUAGAGCGAAUUUCGGUUUUAGUCCCUAUAAAUACCUUAUUGUUUUCUUUUCAUCCUUACAAAAUCAUGUAUUUGUUUUUUGUCCGUAGUGUCAACUUUCUGUUUAAAAUAACUAACGUGGAAAAUACAAGUAAAUGACAUCCGUUCCAUGUAGAAUAAUUAUGCCACGUGUCAACACCACCACAUCGGGUGAUAGUGAGACAUCAACACUAAUGAACACGUCAUUAAAAACGAGGAGAUAGACAUGGCAUAUCAGCUCCAUGUGUCCGUGCUGAUGUUCAUGCCAGUCGUAGCUCACUAUCAUCCAAUGUGGUUUUGACAUGUGGCAUUGUCAUCCUACGUGGAAAUGAUGGUGUGUACCUUUGUUUACACCAUUAGCUUUUUUAAACCGAAAGUUUAUGCCAGGGACCAAAAAUGAAAACAUUUGAUUUUGCAAGGACUAACCGUAAUAUUUUAAACCAAAAAGAAUUAUGCUAUCCAUCAUUAGCAAUGUCACAGAUACACACAUGCAUUCCUUAAAUUGUAGCUUUAGUUGAUUACUAAUUUCUAGAAUUCAUUAUUUCUCACUAAUGUGAUUAGACAAAAGCACAUUUCACAAUAAAUAAUUGCACUGUUUACCGAAAAUAUACUGUUUCAAGAGUUGAUCCUUAUACAAAGUUCUGUACCAGUUUGUCCGUUUCGGUCUAUGACCAUCCUUUUCGUGUCUCAUUUCAGUAUUUUCAGCAGUUUUAGGAGUUCAAGUUAAGAUCAACCAACUACAUGACAGUAAGCCAACCAAACUUCUAUCAUUACCAUUAUGUCUAUUCAAUGCAUAAUUUUAAAACUCUACCUUAUGUAUUGCGCAGAUUAUGUUGUUAUAGUCUCAUGUAUCAUUUUAGUUGGCCUUUUCUCCAUUCAGCAUCAUGGAACACAUAGAGUUGCCUUCAUGUUUGCCCCAGUUGUUGCAGCAUGGCUUUUGUGCAUCAGUGGUAUUGGUAUAUACAAUAUAUUCCGAUGGAACCGACAAGUAUAUCGUGCACUUUCUCCAGUCUAUAUGUUCAGGUUUCUCAAAACAACUGGCAUUGAAGGAUGGUUGUCAUUAAGUGGAGUGGUGCUUUAGAUAACAGGUAACUAUAAGUUAGUCAAUUUUAUUAUAGUUGUCUAGCUUGUGUUAUUUGAACAACCAAAUUCAGACAAUUUUCGCAAUAACUUUUUAAGUGGUUAACACAGUUCAUGUAAGUGGCUAAUUGCGUUCAGUAGGUGCUUAAUGGACCAUAAGUGAAAACUCAUUGACCAUCAAUUUAACUUCAUCCCAAACUUGUGGUUGAUGAAUUUAUGUUGGUGGUUAAUAAGUUUGGACACCUGAUAUAUCUAUUAAUCAUCUACUAAACAUAAUUAAUCACCUAUUUGAACUAAGUUGAACACUUAAAAAGUCACGAAAAUUGUCUAAAUUUGGUUGUACAACAAAUCAUUUCUCGAUCAGCUACUGUCUUAGGUGUGGAGACAAUGUACGCUGACAUGGGUCAUUUUUCUGCACUCUCAAUAAAGGUAAAUUAAAAGUAUGCAAUAAUUAACAAUGUUGAUCCAAGUAUAUUAGUCUAGCAUACAAAAAUGAAAUCUGAUUUAACAGUUACACGUAAAUCUCAGAUAGCUUUCACAUGUUUAGUAUAUCCCUGCCUGAUUUUGGCAUAUAUGGGUGAGGCUGCAUUUCUCUCUAAGCACCAUUAUGACAUUGAGAGAAGUUUCUACAAAGCCAUACCAGGCAAGAAUUCACUUUAAUAAACAACAAAUAUAUCGAUAUUAUUUAUGAUAACUCUAGGGUAACAGUGCUACUAUUUUUCUGCAGAAGCUGUAUUUUGGCCAGUUUUUAUAGUGGCCACUUUUGAUGCUGUUGUAGGAAGUCAAGCAGUGAUUUCUGCAACUUUUUCCAUCAUAAGCCAAUGUUGUGCUUUAAAUUGUUUUCGAGUCAAGAUUGUUCAUACUUCUAGCAAAAUAUAUGGACAGAUAUAUGUUCCAGAAGUCAAUUGGAUAUUAAUGUGCCUUUGUUUAGCUGUUACAAUUGGCCUUUGGGAUCCAAACAUGAUGGGUCAUGCAUAUGGUAUGAUAUCCUUUUCCAUUGUGUUUAGAUUAAACAAUCAUUUUUAUCCUAAAAUGUGUGAGGUGCUGUCACAUUAGUCUCUAACGUAUCCAAUUAUAAAAAUAAAAUGAAAAACUGCAUAAAUGCGUCUUUCAGUAGUCCGUUUCUUUAUCAAAUGUAUCUUUCAUUAAUUAGUUUAGUUCUCAAAUGUGUCUUCUUGUAGUCAAUUUGGUCCAUAAAAUUACGAACAAAAGACAUGUUUGGGACAUUUUUGUAAUUCGGAUACAAUCAUUACUAUAGUGAUUACGCCUCACACAUUUAGGGAAAAUGACAGUUUAUUCUUAUGUUUACUCAUUAUGAUAUAUGAAGUAUGGAAAACUAAAUUUAAACUACUUUUCUUGGUUUGCAGGGUUGGCUAUCACCACUGUUAUGUUUGUGACAACAUGUUUGAUGACACUAGUAAUUAUAAUGGUUUGGAAACAAGGGAUAAUAAAAGCACUUACAUGUUUCCUAUUGUUUGGAUCUAUUGAACUUCUUUACAUCUCAGCUUCUGUCUGCAAAGUCGCUGAAGGAGGAUGGAUCCCAAUUUUGCUCUCUUUCAUUUUUAUGGCCAUAAUGUUCACAUGGAAUUAUGGAACAAUGAAGAAACACCAAUUUGAUGUUGAAAACAAGGUCUCCAUGAGCAAGAUGGUCCGUGUCCCGGGAAUCGGUCUCAUUUUCAGUAAUCUUGCUUCCGGUAUCCCGGCUAUUUUCGGUCAUUUUAUUACAAAUUUACCAGCAUCCCAUCAGGUUUUAGUUUUCGUAUGUGCUAAAUCAGUCCAAGUCCCUUAUGUCAGUGAAAAUGAAAGAUUAGUCAUCAGCAGGAUUGGUCCGAAGGAAUUCUACAUGUUUCGGUGCAUUGUUCGAUACGGAUACAAUGACAUGCAACAAGAGAAUUACAAUUUUGAAAUUAAAUUGGUAUCUGCAAUAAUACAAUUUAUAGAAAUAGAAGACAGUGUUCCAGAACAAACAAAUGAAUUGACUAUAGAUGAUGGGAGAAACUUAAAUAUGGAAGAUCUUGGUCAGUCACAACACACCUUGAAAUUGAAUUGGUCACAUUCUGAAAAGAAUUGUUUACCAUUUUCAUGCGAUGGCCAACAAGUUCAAGACGAGUCCUAUAAAUUUGAGUCAUUUCAGAUUUUAAGAGCCAAAGAAUUAGGUGUUACUUAUAUAGUUGGGUAUUCCUAUGCAGAGGCAAAAAAAUCAUCUACCAUUUUAAAGAAAUUUGGAAUAGAUGUUGUUUAUGCUUUUCUAAGCAAAAAUUGCAGAGAACCUGAUAUUAUGUUGGAAGUAGCUCAUACUUCUUUGCCAGAAGUUGGUAUGGUUUACCAUGUAUAACUCUAACCUUAUACUGAGGUAUUUGCAUAGAAGAGAAUAGAUAUAGUUUGUAAAUGUUGGUCAUAAACAUUAACAAUGACUUCUAGUAUCUAAGAAUGUAUCAAAAAAUGUUGAUCAUUAGGUUGUAGGUUUUUCAUCAUUGAUCUCUAAAGAGUCUUUGAUUCUGUAUCUAAGAAUGUAAUUCAAAAAGUAGAAUAUAUAUACUUGUACUUUUGUUGAAAUGUAGCUACUGAGAUAUGACACAAUCAUUAAAAUACUUCAUUUAUAUUUACUGAGAUGUUAUUUCCUUUAUUUUCUUCUAUGUAAAUGUAAAUAUUCUCUAUUUUCAUGUAUAUAUUUAUGAUGUAAUUAGAUUGUAAGGUUAUUCUCAAGUUAACCCUUUCAUGAAAAUUUCAUCUGAUCUUGUUGUAUAAAAAUUGUAUUUAUAGUGAACUUAAUGUUCCCUUACUAAUGGCUAACAUAACCAGCACCUGACAUUAUAGAAACUAUAGUUCAGAAUUAGCAAAAAAGGUAAUUAAUACGAUGAUGUUUGAAAAAGAAAAUCAAUUGUCAUUUAAAAAACUUGCCUGCACUCCCAAAGUAGCCAUCAACUAUAUUAUUUGGAAUAUUGCAGUGAUUUGAAUAUACAUGGUCUUAAUAUACAAAUGAUUCUAUAUUAUUCGGCAUACUGUAUUGGAAUCAAUGUUGGUCAAAAGUUUCUUCUUCUUCAGUCUAAUUAAUAUAUAAUUUAGGAAUGUGUUCUAUCUUGUCCCAGUCCUCUCCUAUUCCCUCCUUACAUCGCUCCGUUACAGCUGGGCAACCAUAAAUUGCCAGAACCUCAAGUGAUGUGAGGUGCAGAAUACCUUCUGGCAAGCAUCUCAAUCUUUCACAGAAAGCAAUCUCCAUGGUUCGAAGGGAUCGUAGAGUAGACCUUCAAAAAGUUGUUCCGGUAAUGAAUCAAGCUCACAACAGUGAUGGAUACCAAGAUGCUCCAAAGCUAGGUUGAAGGCUUCACUUGGCAAUGCAUUCACUUAAUUUGGGAAAUCAGAUAUUUCCAAAGUUCGAAGACAGGUCAGGUUUUUCAACAUCCCUUUUGGAAAAUAUGUCACAUCUUCACGUCUAUUAAUCUCAAGGGUAGUUAGGCCGUAGAAACUAGAGAUUGACUCCAGUAACUCAUUGUUACAUCCAUCUACAAUGAGUUCUUUAAAAGAUGAAAGGCAUGGCAACCCAAGUUUAAGGCAACCAACAAUGGCCAACUUAGAAAGGUGGGGAAAAAUCUCCCAUUUCCACUUUCAACAACCGUUCCAAGUUAGGUAAAUUACCUAAAAGCAGAUCCUCCAGAGAUGGGAAACCCCUGACCUCCACACCAUCGCUUGAUUCUUCAUCAUUCACAUACUGCACAUUAUCCAUAUACCAUAAUUGGAGUUUUCUGAGAGAUGGUAAUUUAGCAAGUGAUGGAAGCCAAACACAGUUUCUGCAAUAAGAAAGUGUAAGAACAGCUAAAGUACUUUGAAUUUGGAUCCAACAUGGGAGGUGCAAUCCGUCAUAGCCAUGUAUUUUCAAAAUCUUAAGAUUUGAGUGAGAUUGAAGCACUUCAAGUACUUCCUCGGUGCUAGUAGCAGGUGUCUUGGCUUUACACCUGAUGUUCCAUGAGAAGCAUAUUUCCUGAAGUUCUUUUUUAUCUUGCAAAUUUGCUUCUCGAGCUUCAGACAAACUUCCAACAUUUUCUAGACAUGUAAUGCUUAGUUUUCCUCCUAGCUUUAGAUCAUGUAAUUCUGCCAAGCUGUAUCCAAUCUCUAAACUGGAUCCUGAAUCCUGCCCAAUCUAGAGCCCCCAAUGUUUAGAACUUUCUCACCAAUUUUUUCCCUCCCCUUUGUACAUAACCAGGAAAAUUAUAUUUAAUUAGCCAAGUCAUGUUCAUUUUGCCUUCCACAAUUCAUUUGUGUGUGUGAUUUCGCAAGAUUUGAAAGUGUUUUCUUCCUGAAUUUUGGUUAUUCUUUUCGUAAGUCUUCCUGAAUUUUGUUAAUUUCAUGAUUAUGAUGAUCGUUAUAUGGCAAAUAAGACUUCUGAUGUUACUAGUCGCAAAGCUUUAUACUUCAUAAACUUCACCAUAUCCAUGGUGGAAUCAGAGAAAAUGCAGAAGCUUAAGGAAGAAAAAAGAGAUAAAAUCUCUAGAUUCAUUCAACUGAGAUGAGUUUGUUACAACAUAGCUAUAUAUAGCUGAAUUUAAUCCUAACUAACUGUAACUAACUAUUAGCUAGGAUUAGAAUCAUAGAGAGCUAGUACAUAGUAAAGUUUUAGGGAAUUGCAAGAUAACUUGCUGCGCAAGCUAUCUGUUAGUAGAAAUAAUCACACAGUUUAAUAAUAGUCAUGAUGAUAGAUUGCUUCCUGAUUUUUAUUUCUGAUCUGAGAACUAUCCAUCAAUAUUUUUAGCUCCAGCCGGGGAACAAAUCUAUCACCUUGUCUUCGAAAGAGGUUGAAUUCCAAAAACUACUGGUUUGUUUUUCUUCUGCACAAUUGGAUUUUGAUUUAAAUAUAAACUUCAGAAAACAAAGAUCUCAAGCUAACUGUACUAUUGUGAAAAAUAAACAUCAAAUGGAAAAAUAAGGCUCUAAGAAAAAUUCUUCAGACUGCUCCCUCUCCCCAUGCAAUUACAACUCAGCAGAAGUAUGUAAAGGUUGUGGGGCUGAAGUGUCACUAUUUACAUAAUUUCAUUACCUUUUUUCUUGAUUGAUUUAAAUAUUACAACACAUGACUGAGAUUAUUUAAGUUAGCGUAGCUCUCAAGAUGAGAAAAACCAAAUAAAUUGUGCAUAACCAUGUAUUCUUUGGUGGUUUGAUUGUAAUAAUUUGGACAAGAGGCUAAAGAGCAUUAGUAACAUCUUUGUCUGGUUACAUUUCUGUUGACAAGUCAAUUUUAUAAAUGACAAAAAAAUCUUGUAGUCACUGAUUUUAGCUUCCACAAGGCAAUAAUUUGAUCAAGUGUGAAUUCAAAAAAGUAUUUGUCCCUUUUAAAUAAAUAAUGUAUGUGCAUUGUUUGGAACAACCAAGGCACAAAAUGUAUGAUUAUAAGCUCACCAACAAAAAAACUACACUAGAGGAAUAGGAAAAAGAUUAAUACAAAGAAUCCCUUAUGUCAGCGACAUUAGUACUAGUAGAUAUUGUAAAAUCAGCAACAUCUGUUGUUAGUUGGAAUUAAGUUCGGCUCAUGUGUUGGAUCCUCUCCUUUCAUGCCAACCAUAUCAAUUUUAUAUUCCCUUUUCUCAUUAUUUGAUGGACUAAUAGCUUGUUUACUUCCUUCUUUCGAGAUUAAUUUUUCAGGCCAAAAUACAUUCAGUCCCUUGCCUGUAUGUAUGACCAAAAUACACUCAAUUCCUUUAUAAAAUCUUACCAUACAUCUACAAUAUACUAUUUUUUUUCUUUGCUAUAAGGAUGGAAUUUUAAAUAUGUUUGGUGAAAAAAAAAAUCUGUGAAGGUAAUUAGCAUUAAAAAGUCCUGAAAACCAACUCCAACCACAAGGAGGUGGAGAGAGUAUUACUUUGUUGAAGCAUGCAAUAAAAAGAAAGCCGACUAAAGUUUCGAUAUGUAUGUUAAAAUAAAUCAGUUUGACGAGGCAGAAAAUUCAUGUUAAAGUAUUCACGAAUAUAUGAACUAUGCCUUACCUUGAAAUUAACCAUAACCAGCAAAGAGCUAUCAGUUAAAGGAAAUUGAAAUCUUCAGCAGCAAACUUCAUUCCUAAUAUUGCUUAACAACGUCGCCAAUUCUGGCUAUUGGUGUUUCCCCUGAUCGAACAUGAAACUCCGACUCUUUCAUAAAUGUAUUAUUAUACAUGAAACGGCUAUUUCAUAAAUGAAGGACCAUCACCUGCAUAUUUUCAUGGAUAUAUGUAUUUAAAUUGAAAUAAAGUAAUGUAUGUUAAAAUUAAUACUAUAGGAAUUGAAGAUCUAUACCAUAUCAAUACCAGCAUUAACGAAAGUGGAGACGCGAUAACGAUAAUAUGACCAAUAAGGUUGACAUCUUGAUUUCGCUCAGAUAAAAAUCACAAGUUUCACAUAAAUCAAUUCAAGGAUGUCUUCUUCUUCAUUCCAAUAAACAAUUUUUGGAAUAUGUGGUAUCUUGUCACAUUCCUCUCCUGUUCUCUCCUUACACUCCUUUAAUUUUGGGCAACCACGGAUAUUCAUAAACUCAAGUGAAAUGAGGUGUUAAAUACCUUCUGGCAAGGAUCUGAAUUCGUCGCAUUCAACAAUAUCCAUAUUUCAAAGAGAAAUAAAUGGCACCUGUUCAGUUUCACAGGAGAUGCUCUCUGUAAGUGAUAUGAAUAAUGCUAAUAUACUAAAAUAUAUGGAGUUAAAAGAUGCAAAAUUCACUUUGUUAUCAAAUAAAACAGUUGAUUUCUUGUUCAUAUCAUCCAAAAUCAUCACCUCUUGCUUUCAGGAGAAGCAGUGGACACAACUUGAUCAAUUAACAUUGUCCAACACAAACAUGGUUGGGAUUCAGCAGCAUUCCACAACAUAUCUGACACAAACAUAAUGAAAUAACAUGAGUGUCUCGACUAGAAAAAAUGAAAUACAAUGACACCAUCCUAACAAAGAGCUGUAUACACACCUGCAGAUUUUCUGUCUUUGGUUGGUAACAUGCCAAGCAUCACAGUGCUCCCUUUGGUAAGCAAGAAUGACAAACACAGGGCCUCAUUUCUCACAAUAUGCAUUGGUUGUGACCUGAAUUUUAACUAAAUCAAAAACUCAAUAAAAAAGACAGAAAUACACAAUAAUAACCCGCUGAGUGCCCAAAAACAUGAGCCUUUUUCCAACCUAAAUGACCCAACAAAGUAAUUGUAUCUUUUGCCAUGAUCUUUGUUCUGCACCCAACAAUCAUUCACCAAUUCACCAAUAUUCAAAACUCAACCUAAUUGUAUCUUUUGCCAUGAGCUUUGUUCUGCACCCAACAAUCAUUCACCAAUAUUCAAAUUUCCAUUUCACUCUUUGUAAAUUAUUCAAAUUAAUGUAGCACCAACACUUCAUAUUGAUGAGAUAUGUUUAGACACUGAUAUGACACCAAGUCGUAUAAUUACAUUCAAAAACUUUCAUUUCUUCAAAUUAUUAUUAAAAUUAAGCAAAGAGGAAUCCAAACAAUAUAUCAUUCAAACAAACAAUAUAAAGCAAAUAAAUAAAAAGACCAAUAAAAAAACUUAAGAAUAAAAAUGGAGAAAACCUUAUCAUCAGACUUUCUAUUGUGCACUGAGCUCCGACCCGAACCAUGCCGUCUUCAUCAUUAGGUACGUUUGUUCCUGUUAAUCCCUUUAUUUGUGGACCCCACCCUUGUGUCAAAGGCAAUCCUAACCAUUCAAUUCAAUCUCCACGAAAUCAGCAAAAUUAAAAAUGAAAUCAAAAAUCAAAAAGGAAAUGAAAAAAAAAAUUAAACUAUGAUGAAGAAAAUUACCUGAAUUAGAAUAUUAGAACAUAUCUUUUGGGGGAUACCUUCAAAAGAACUCAACAGAAAAGCCUGCAAAUCAUCCUAUAAUGAGAAUAUAUAACGAUUUUUGAAUAAAAUUCGAGUCAAUUAAUCACUUAAAAUCCAAACAAAAGAAGGGUGUAUUUUAGGGGGAAAUAGAGAUCCUACCAGUAAAAUAGAUUUUUGCGAUGGUGAUUGAGGCAGAUAAGGGUAAACGUCUCUGCUUCUUAAACAUCAAUCAACUCUAUUCUUGGAAUAUGAGCUAUCUUGUCCCAAUCCUCCCCUGUUCCCUCUUUGCAUCGUUCCUUUAAUGUUGGGCAAUCAAUGAUAGACAGAAGCUCAAGAGAAGUGAGGUGUCGAAUACCCUCCGGCAAGCAUCGCAAUCCUCUACAACCCCAAAUCAGUAGAGCUCGAAGGGAUUGAAGACCUUCCCAGUUUUGCUCUGGUAAGGACUCCAAUUGUGGUAAAAAAGUUACAAACAGGGAUUGAAGAGAAGUAAGGUUUUUGAACAUCUCCUCUGGUAAGGAUGUUAUUCCUUCACCACUAUUUAGGGUAAGCUGAGUAAGACCACGGAAGGUAGAGAUUGACCUCAGUAACUCAUUGUUACGUCCAUCGACACCGAGGUCUUUAAGAGAUGGAAGACAUGGCAGUCCAAGUUUAGGGCAUUUCCAGAUAUCCAAACUAGAAAGACAAGGAAACAUCUCCCCUCUUUCCACUUUCAAUAACCCCUCUAUGUUUGGUAACCCAUGUAAUUCGAGUACCUCCAAAGAUGGGAAAGCCCUCACCUCCAUACCAUCCUCAGAUUCAUCAUCAUCCAAGUAUUUCAGAUUAUUCAUACCAUAUACUCUAAGUUUUUUUAGAGAUGGUAGUUUACCAAAUAACGGAAGCCGCACAAUUUUGUUGCAAUCCCCAAGUUUAAGAGAAAUUAAAUUACUAAGAAUAAUUAUCCAACUUGGUAACGAUAAUCCGUCAUAGCAAUUUAUAUCCAAGCACUUGAGAUUUGAGUGAGGUUGAAGCUCUUCGAGUAAUUGCUCAGAUCUAAUUAUAGAUUCCUGUUGCGAUAUCCACGACAAGCAUAAUUCAUGAAGGUCUUUUUUACCCUUCAAAUUAGCCGCUUCAGCUUCAGAUAAACUACCAACAUUGUUUAAUCCUUUGAUACUCAGUUUUCCACCGAGGUUUAGAUCAUGUAACUCUGUCAAGCUAUUUCCUUUCUCUAAACUAACAAUGUACACACUUAAUGUUCUUAGACAAGUUAAUUUUCCAAUGUUGGGAAACAUUCGAAAUAAAGAUCCACAUCCUUCAAUGACUAUAUGUCUAAGAUUUUGUAAGCAAACCAAGCGUUUUGGGAGACAACUCAGUUCACGACAAUAUUUUAUUUUCAAGAUUUCCAGUUUUUGUAAGUUGUAAAUUGAGUUAGGCAACUUUUUUAUAUCAAGAGAACAAAGUUCCAAAUACCUUAAAUGAAUUAAACUCCAUACUGGGCCUUGUAGAGAGGAUGUGCUUAAAACUCGAAGAGAGCUGUUUAAUGGGAAGUGAUCAUGUUUUUUUGGAAUAUAAUUCUCCAAGUCAAACAAUGUUCGUAAGGAUUCAACUUUUUUGAAGGCACCCUCAUCGAAUGAUAACAAAUUUUCAGAGUUAAAACUUAUGUGGUGUGUGUUUUUUGUCAAAUUAGUCAUGUUUGCAUUCUCCAAAUACAUACAUUCUUUCCCCGUUACUGAUUGAGCGAGAUCAUGGACAAGAUCAUGCAUCUUGAAAGAAAUGUCUCCAAAAUAUUCAUCCAUCUUGCUAUCUUGAAAGAAUGAUUUUUGGUACAAUUCCUUCCAAACCAUUUUUCCAACAUCUUCAACGUCCAAAUUACCCAUAGAUGAAAUAAAUUCAUUAGCCAUCCAAAGUCGAAUCAAUUCUUCUUUUAGGAUUUCUCUAUCCUUGGGAAAUAUAGCACAAAAAGAGAAACAUUGCUUUAGGGUUGGUGUUAAAUAAAAGUAACUCAAUCUCAAAGCGGGCAAAAUAGAAUUUUCUUGUGGUAAAGCCCAAAGCUCACUGUCUUUAAUAUCAAGCCAUUCCUUUUCUUCAUUCCUUGAGCUCAUCAAACCCCCCAAUGCUUUUGCUGCAAGAGGCAAUCCAUUACAUUUCUUUACUAUCUCCUUUCCAAUUUCCACAAACUUUGUAUGCUCUUUGUAACGUCUAAAUGCAUGUUGUUUGAACAACAACCAACAGUCACUAUCAGAGAGACCAGACAAACGGUGAGUUUCCCAUGUUCCCAUGAUUGUUGCAACAUCCUCAUCACGAGUGGACACUAAAAUGGAACUACCUUUUGAUCCACACGACAAAACAGAUUUCAAAUGAUCCCAUCUAUCUUGUGUUAACCCAAAUUCCAAUUGUUCAUUUUGAUUCCACACAUCAUCCAAAAUCAGCAAAUAUAUUUUCCCUUGCAACAAUCCUUGCACCUUUCUUUCCAUUACAUCUAAAUCAAAGUCAGCACACUUCUCUCUUGUGAUAGAUUCUAUAAUAGAACACAAAAUCCUUUUGACCGAGAAAGUCUCAGAAACACAAACCCAAAUUUUUUUAUCAAAAUUGCGACUCACCCUAACAUCAUUGUAGAUCAAUUGAACAAGAGUUGUUUUUCCAAUACCACCUAAACCAACAACGGGAUAGACAGAAAUAAAGUCAGAGUCCUUCGCAAGGGUAAGAAGAAACUGGACAAUCUUUUCUUUAUCAUCGUCUCUUCCUAACACUUUUGUUUCAAGAGGGGUGGAGCUGGUUUGGCGCCCUUCAGCAGCUUGAUCUGGGCUUUCCCUAAGAGUUACACCCGUAUGGAGAGAAAACUUGUUCUUACGUUCAGCAAUACGAUCCAACCUCCCUGUAAUCUCUUUCAACCUGUUACCGAUCUUAUGGCGAAACUUUAAAGAUGUGAAUUUUCUCAGUCGACUAGACUUGAUCGAACACUCAUCAAGGAUGUCAUCGAGCACAUAAACAGCAUCUUUGAGGUCUUGUAGCCAUACCUUAAUGAAGUUGUCUUUGACUUGUCUCUUUUCAGCAUCUUCAAGAACAGCCUUGAUGUCAACUAAGGUGGUUGAUAGGUUUUCAGCCUUUGACUUGAUUCCAGAAAUAGUAGAAAAUUCAUUUUGAAGCAGAGAUAUCAAAUUCUCAAACACAACUCCAAGAAAGGGAUCAGCCAUUUUUUGAGAAAAAAAAGAGUUGAAAAGAUAAGAAAAAUGAGAAAUUGGUUUAGAUUGAAAGAGUAAUGAAGUAAACAGAAUGAAGAACUUUGAAAAUAAAUGCAAUGGUAGUAGAAAGUUAGGUGCUGAAUGGUAGUAGUAAUUUUUAAAAUAAAUGAUUUGGAGGAAGCUUCAAUGUACGUUUACCUCUUAAUAUAAAAAAAUAAUAGAAAAAAUUCACUUCAACAUGCGUAAUCCAUAAACAUAAUACUCCCACCGUCCCAAUUUAAUUGAACCAUUUAUUCAUUUCACACUUAUUAAGAAAAAUAUAUUAACGAAGAAGACAGAAAAAUAGUUUUGAGUGUUUUUGUUAAUUAUUGGUCCAUUAUUCUUUAUCAUAAAUGUAAAGUAGAAUAGAUUAUAUCGGAAGUGAUGAAAGUAAAAUAUUAAUUAGAGUUAUAAUUAAAAAAAAGUAAUUAAUAUUGUAUUUAAAAGUGAAAUGACUCAGUUGUUUUGAGAUACUUUUUAUUGAAAAUAACUCAGUUAUUAUGGAAGAAGAAGUAGAAUUUUACGGUGACAGGAAAAAAAACAAGUACCAAAACCGAAACCAUGUCAGAAGCAAUAAGACAAGCGGUGCCUCGGUGGUAGAUUCAUGAACUUGUAAAUUCUUUAUUCAAGAUGUGACCGACCACUUUAACCAAUAAGAUGUGGCCGAUAGAAUAAUGAUCCCUACACAGCACGAUAGCCAGUUGUUUAUGGGUCCAACUCCAACACUUGUUUUAUUGGUGAAAAAAAUAAGUCUUAUCUAUUAUUCUAAUGUUUAGAUAAAAUAAUAUUCCAUCUAUCCCGUGAGUUUUUUUUUUAAGAAAUCUAUCCCGUAAGUUUGAUUCAGUUAGUAAAGGAUAUUGCGUAUUAUAUGUAAGAAUCGGAGUUCGAAACACCAUACUUUUUCACAUUUAAAAUCUAUUAACUUAACUCUAACCACCAAACUACAUAACAAAAAAAAAACAAUAUUAAAAACCAUCUAACUGUCAAAAUUAUAGUUUCAAUUUAAUCAUUUAAUUCAAAAUUAUACUUCUUAUGAUAUCUAUGUUAAGGAGUGGGUAAACACAUCGUAGGCCCCUAUGUUUAAUAGCAGUUUUGAUGGUUGAUCAAUAAACACAUAAAUAUUGCUCACUUUAUUGAAAAAAGCCGAUCCAGAGUUACGAUCUGAUCGUAUUUUACACACAAAAACAAUUGAUCAGAAGUUACGACACGGUUGGAAGCAAAAUUGAGGAGUCUAUCGAACAACUUUAUGAAUUUUAUAUGGCACACAACAGAAGUGGAAAAAGGCACAUGUAACUUAUAAUUUGGUGUUUUCUUUGUUGGAUUUUCAAUUGGACAACUACGAAACAUGGUCACAAGAAGCAUACCUCAUGUUGCAACCGCAGUAAUGCUUUUUGGCUUUGAGCCAACAAUUGCAUAUGGCAAAUGGAUUUGGAGGAGUCAAUUGGGUUUUGAUGGAAAAGAAAAAGGAAAAAAUGUUUGGAUGAUAUGAAAUUGUAUGCUCUAUAUAAUUGGAUUGAGGUGUGUCAUGUGGACCCUAUAGUUUCUUUACAAUUCUAGAGAUAUUUUUAACAUGCAUUAUUAAUAAAUGUCAUUGCUACUUGCAUGCCCAUCACUUGAGAUUGGAUGGCAAACUUAUCCCUAUAGUAAUAAAAAGAUACACAUAGAUAUAUCUUAUCAUAAAAAUAUAAACUACAAUGACCUAAUGUGUGGUACAUUAACACUUCCUGAAAGUAAAUGUUGUAGUUAUUGUUUAUAUUAAACCUUAUCUAUCAAUUUUGAAAUAAUUAUUUUGUCAGGUGAUAUUGGAGGAAAUUUUGUACCUCUAUUUUUAUUAAGAUCACAAAUUCAUUAUUUUUUUCUUUCUAAUAAAUAGUUUUCUUACCAUCAAAUAAGGAAAAAUGUUUUGUUUGAUCCGUGAAACAUUUUUUUUUUAAAGAACAAUACAUAAUACCAAGAGAUGGAUAAGUACAACACAAACAUCAAGCUAUGUCGUGAGUAAUCAAGUUCUGCUAAUAAUAAAAGUGUCUCCAAUAUUUUUGCCCUACAACAUAAGUACAACACAAACACAAAACUCAUGUAUUGAUACAAAAAUCUGCAUAAUUAUGAAGAAUUGCAGGAGCAACCAAGUUCUUUGCUUAUAAUAAAACGAUAGAAAAAAAUAUCCAAGUUAAACUAACCAUUCAUAUUGACAUUACUAACUAAAACGUUGAAUGAUUCAAUUACAACACCUCUUGGCCCGCCUCGGAUCAGCCAUAACAAUCUCAGCAGCUUUCUCAUUAGCCAUAAUUUUCUUCAACUCUGAAGCAUUCUUCUUAGUCUAAGACAUCAAAUUCCGACUAAGACUUAUCAAAUCCUUCUUCCUCUGAAGCAUUAUUCUCGGUCUAAGACAUCAAAAUUAGUUCAAAUCAGCAAAAAGGUAAUAUAAAUCCAAGUAAAAUAAGAACAGUAAAAAUUCACAGUAACAGAGAAGUUAUAAAAGUAAUUACAAUUCCCAUAUUGUACGCAAGCAUUGUCUCCUCAUACUCCUCCUUGAACUUCUCAAACUUAGCAAUGAAUCGAGCCUUAUCCUAAAAUACACAUAAAUCACAAAAACAUUUAAAAACAAAACACGAACUAAGAUUUAUAUCAAUUUUCUUCAGUGAAACAUAGGUGAAAUUCUCACAGCAUCCUAACCUAUUUCAACCUUUAUAUCCAUUCCAUUCCUUUCCACCAACUUUCCCAACCUAAUUCAAAUUCACCGUAAAUCACGUUAGAAAACUCAAUAACAUUCAAAAUUUCCUAAAAAUCAAAUUCAACAGUUAAACAAUAUUGCUUCACAAAACUCACCACGACAAUGGAUUUGUUGCUUGGAUUCUCUUUUCUUAAACCUCUCUCUGAAUUCAGACCUAAAAAUCACAAAACAAAAAUCAUCAGAAUCAAUGGAACUUCAGCAUGUUGCAAAUCAGACACAAAUUUGUAUGGCUGAUUCCAGUACAGGUUUCACUAUAAGAAUUUGUAUACGAUCACUCUAUCAGACACAAAUCAGAUCGAAAUUAUAACUCAACAUCAACAAAAUCUACACCAGAAUCAAGAUUAUCACCAAUGUUAUAGUGAAAACCUAGAAAAAGACCAGAUGUAAUAAGUUUUAUUCUAAAAAACACCAUUGUUUGUUCAAUAAAACAACAAAAUACAAAAUUCACUUAAUUUAACGUUAAAUCAAAUAAACAUAAAUAAACCCAGAUAUUUAAUUCUAAAAUUCACAAAUUAGCAUACAACAAAUUGAAUACCUGGGAAAAUGGAAUUAGGUCAGCAAAAUCAAUGAAUUUUCAUGGGUUAAAACCAACAAAUCUAGAUGUAGAGGAUUUUGAGAUCUGGAUUUGAUGUGAGAUGAAUAUGUUCAUUCUCAACUCACAGUCUUGUGGUGGUUUACGUAAGGUGGCUGGAGCUAGAGGCAAUGACGAUGAAGAAGAGCAGAGCAUCGACUGAGAGAGGAGAAGAGAAGAGCAGUGACCGGAAGAGAAUGAGAGAGAAGAGUCACGUUUUUUUUUUUUGUUAAGAGGCAUUGAGCGUGUGAAAUAUUUGUCAUUUACAAUGUUAAGAGGCAUUGAGCGUUUUUUUUUUUUUUUUUGCAUUGGAACAUUUGUCAUUUACAAUGUUACUUUUAACUUUACAUGGGAACUGCUUUAUUAUACACACAGUUGCACAACCAUAUAAAUGUGCAUGGAAAAUAUACGCACGUUUACAGCUUUGCCAUUGAAAAUGUGCAUCCGAAAUAUGAAAUGCUUUAAAUGUUCUUCAUGUUUGAAUGGUGUACCGCCCUAGCAUAUAGUGAAGAGAUUUGAAAUUUGAAAAUGGCAUUAAAUGUGAUAUUAUUAGCAAAAGUUUCCCGCUCUAAAUCUAGGUUUAGGGUUUUAGAGGUGUUGUGUGCAUUGUACAUUAGGAUUAGAUAAUACUAGGACUAUUACCCGUGCUAACGUCCGGGACAUUAAAAAUGGAGAAGCUAAAAAAGUUCCGAUAUUAUUCAUUACAUAAAAAAUAAAAUAAAUAAACAUAAAAAGUAUUUAAGAGCAUACAAAAUAUUGGGUCACACAUUUUCGAAUAUCUCCUUAUAAACUACAUUUGAAGUGGUGCUGAUACAAUCCCAUUGUCAUCCGUUAAUAAUUUCUUCAGACCAUCCCUUGAUGUCACACGUGAUACUGCAACAUAUAGCUGCCCAUGUGAGACGACCGACUGUGGAAGAUAGAUGCCAACUUGCUAUAGAUCCAAACAGCUGCAACUGCCAACCCUAUAGAUGCUAGCCAGCAGCUGAAACCAACAACUAAAAUGCCAACAACACCAUGACAGCACCCUGAAACCACCAAAAACCUGCACAACACCACCAGAAAAGCUCCCAAAAUGACAGCAGAACCCGCACAAAAUAAAGGAAUUAAACGUAAGGAAUGUUGAAUAACUAAAUAUACUUCGCAAUCAUAUUUUCAAUUUAUAAACACAGAGCGAAGUGGAAAGCACAAUCAUUAAAGGUCAGCAUCAAUGGACAUAUUGGUGUGUUUGAAAAAAAAAUAAACAUAUGAUUUUAAAGUAUCAAUCAAUUUAUUAACAACAUAAUACAUGAUGGUAAAAUCUAUUUAAAUAUCAUCAAUUCACUUACAAACAAACCAAAAAUGUAAUGGAAUAACAAAGUUAGGGAAAAGUUACAGGAACAACGAUUUAGGAUAUAUAUAGUAGCAUCUUCAACACAUAUGGCUGAUACGAUGCCGCAGACGACAACGGCCAAGGUGAUGUCGGAAUCGAGAGCAUUGGUGAAGGGCGACGACAGGAGAGAGCUGCGGCAACGGAGAGAGCGGCAACGACAGAGAAUUUUGUUUGAAUGUCUGAGAGUGAGGUGGAAGAUGAACAACUCAAAGGGCGAAGAGAUUUUUUUUGAGUAAAAGCAAUCUGAAUUCCAACACAUAAAGAAGGAAUAAUGAGAGUGGAGAGAAGAGAACUUUAAAAUGAAGGAGAAAGAGGUGGACAUCGAUAAGUGUGGAGUCAAUUUGGGAAUUGGAGGAUAAUUAAUGAGUCAAAACUUGGAAAAGUGCAUAGGAAAUAUACAUCAAAUUUGAAAAUUUGACUCAGAUUAGAUCAAAGGAUGAGAUGCAUGCUUAGCCAAAUGAUGAGAUCCAACGGCCUCCCUUGUUUUGGAGCCAAAACCAUUUAGGUUUAGGGUUUGCAAUUUCAUUAGCAAUGUUAACAAAGAUUAGAUAUAAGCAUGACUAGGACUAUUACCCGUGCUAACGCCCGGGACAUUAAAAAUGGAAAAGUUAAAAAUGUUCCGAUAUUAUUCAUUACAUAAAAAAUAAAAUAAAUAAACAUAAAAAGUAUUUAAGGGCAUACAAAAUAUUGGGUCACACAUUUUCGAAUAUCUCCUUAUAAACUACAUUUGAAGUGGUCCUUAUACAAUCCCCAUUGUCAUCCGUUAAUAAUAUCUUCAGACCAUCCCUUGAUGUAACACGUGAUAUUGCAACAUAUAGCUGCCCAUGUGAGAAGACCGGUUGUGGAAGAUAGAUGCCAACUUACUUAAGUGAUUGUCCCUGACUUUUGUUUAUAGUCAUUGCAAAACACAAAGCUAUAGGAAACUGUAUGCGUUGAAAUUUGAAAGGAAUUCUGGUAUCAGAUGGUUCAAUGACAAUCUCGGUAUGUAGACCUUCUCUCCAACAUUGCUUCCUGAUAUUACCCUCCCUUCAAUAACAUAUCUUCCCAUCUUAGUGACUAUUAGUCGAGUACCAUUACACAAACCUGCUGUUAUGUCCAAAUUUCUCAACAACAUAAUAGGAACUCCAACUUUCAAAGUAAUCUUGUGAUUAGGAAGACCCGAUGAAUUGAUUGUGUUCAAGAAUUCUGGUAUGUGAAUAUCAUCUGGCCUAUUGACUGAUGCGAUAUCUGCUAUUACAGAAUCACAACUCAAAUAUGUCCUUUCUUCGCCGGGAAUGAGAGACAAAACAUAGUUAUUAACCUCAUCAACAAUUGUAUUUUUAGGAGUCAAUAUUGCUUUAUCUUGAAAAAAAGAUGUAUCAUGCAUAUUGAGUAAUAUUGACGGAUAGAUGCAGUCAACAAUUGAAGCAAUAUGAUCACUUGCGCUAUUAACGAGUAGAUCAUCUGGGAUUUCCACCUGAAUGCUAUCAUCUCCAAUCCCUAAUACCCAUUUGGCGAAUUCUGUUCUUUCUUGUACCUCAUUUGGUGAACAUCCAUGCAAAAGUCUCAUAUUCGUUGUUAAUGUUAAUACCUCACAAUGUCGCCAAAGUUUUGACGAAUUAAUACUUGUAUAAACGACAUCUGGUCUGGUGCCUUUAGGAACGACUGGUAGAAUCUGUCGAAAAUCUCCACCAAGAACCACAACUUUACCACCAAAAGGAAUGUCUGUCCUCCUGUUAUUAUGAUCUUUAAGGACAUCCCUUAAGGUGCGAUCAAGAGCUUCAAAGCAAUGUUUGUGCAUCAUAGGUGCUUCGUCCCAGAUGAUUAGUUUUGCUCGUAUAAUCAAUUGUGCCAACGGACUUUUAGGCUUUAUAGUGCAAGUCGAACAUUCGUCCACAUUGAAAGGAAUGCAAAACCUUGAGUGUGCUGUUCUUCCGCCAGGGAUAAGCAAUGCGGCAAUACCGCUGGAUGCAACUGUCAACACAAUUUCACCCUUCGAAUGCAAUGCUGAUGACAAAGCUCUCCAAAUAAAUGUUUUACCUACAUUAAGGAACCUAAUUAGAUUAAUAUCAUACACUUGCCAAUAUAUAUUUCUCACCGGAAUUUAACAAAAUAAUCAAUUGUUGUAAACUACUAUAUUUCAAGUAUAGAUCUGAUGCAAAAUUGUUGUACUAUUAUGCUAAUAUAUACCAUCAAAAUAAAAAUUUGAUAAAACAAUAAUUUUCCCAGCCAAAGACUACAAUAAUGAUUAUUACAAAUUUUUUUGAAUGUUAUUAAAACGAUAUAUUUUAAUAGGCAGCAAUGUGAAAUUUAAAAAACCAAGAUGAGCUUCGAAAACAAACACGUGAUAGAUAUUAUUGAAGUAGCAAUAAACGUCACAAGAAAGGGGGGGUUUGAAUUGUGACCCUUUUAAAAAUUAUUCCUGAAACUUAAUUUUAGAUUUAUAUACUCAAGAAUAAUCUUGGUGAAUGUUAGUUUAUCAAGAUUAGAGUAUAUAACAAUUAAUUGAAUUAGAACAGAACGUUCUGAAGAAUGAUUAUAAACAGAAUGAGAAAAAUGAAGUUAAGUUAAAAGAUUAUUUUAGCAAGGACCAGAAUGUUCUGGAGAUUAAUAAAAUAAUGUGUGUGUGUUGUGUAACUUUAAAUAAAGAGAGAGAGAGAGAGAGAGAGAGAGAGAGAGAGAGAGAGAGAGAGAGAGAGAGAGAGAGAGAGAGAGAGAGAGAGAGAGAGAGAGAGAGAGAGAAAUAACACAGGAGAGUUAUCCUGAUUCACCAAACCCGGCUACUUCCAGUCCCCACACCUCGUGUGAGAUUAUCCACUAUAGUUUUCUUGCUAACAGAAACUUCUGACUAGCACUACAAUUUCUUGAUCACACCAGAUCAGUCCAUAACACCUGUAUUAUCAACCUCAGCAGGCUUAUACAAUUCUUUGCACACUAGCAAAAGAAAGGUUGGAAUUUUCUAUCUCAAAACUAUUAAGCCCAAUAGACUUUGAGAAAUACAACACACUUUGUAUGAAGAGAUUUGUUUGGAUAGAAUAAAUACUCAAAUCUUUGUUUGAGUUUUACAAGAGGCAAAUUCAAGAGAGAUGAUCCAAGAGAUAUAGUGAGAGAGCUUGGAAUUUGCUUUGUAUGUGAAGAGCUUUGUUUGUAGUGAUGAUUUUCACUUUGAGAGAUAUUAGCUUUCAAAACUCUUGCUUAUGACCUUCAAAGGCCCUUGUAUUUAUAGGUGAGGAGUGUCUUGGUGACCAAGGGAGAAAAUAGAGCUGUUGGACACGUUUUUGAUAGCUGUCCAAAGUCUCAUUUGAUUUCUCUUUUCUUCUUAAAAAUAGCCAGAACGUUCUCAGAAUGUUCUUUCUGAUUUGCCUGACUUUGAAAGCACUGUUGCUUUGCUUGCGCAUGAGAUAACCAGCUGUAAUGAGCUGUAUAACUUGCAGCCCACUUCUGAUGAUGUCAUGUCCUUUUGCUCUAGUGAUGUCAUGCUUAAGUAAGCCAUGUGAUCUUAUCCAUUUAAUGGGCUUUACUUUUCCAAAUGGGCUUAAAGCUUUUCUUAUGGCCCAAUAGACAUAAUCAGCCAAGCUUUCUUGCUGUGCAGACUUGUUCGCUUUUGAUGUACUGUUCCUUUUUCAUCGUUUUCGCCAGAACGUUCUCAUUUCAUUCUCAUGAAACAAAUUCUCACAAAAACGAAUUAGUAGAUAACAAGAUUAAAUAAAUAUAAUAUGUUUGUAAUCUUUAAAACAUCAAAUAAGGAUUUUGUCUCAACAAUCUCCCCCUUUUUGAUGAUGACAAACAUUUAUAAUUUAUUUUGAUUUUGAUUUUGAGUUUUUGAAAAAUUUGUUAAAAACUCCCCCUCAAUUUUAGCAACCAAAAUUUUGUGCCAUUUUGAGAGUUUUCCAGAAUUUGUUUAUGGACAAUUGAGUUUGAUAAUUUUAUCAAAGAACUCCCCCUCAAUUCAUGCAUUCAAGAUUUAAUAUGCAAAAUGAGAAUAUAGAACAUAAACAACAUAAUUCAUAAAUCAUGAAGAUCAUUACAAGGUAUCAAACCUAGCAUUUCAAAACAUCAAAAAGCAUUGUUCAUAUGCGCACAUACUAGCAGCAAUUUGAUCCUUAGUUAAUCAUGAUCAAAAGACAUAAACAGAGAAAUAAAAACAGAGUUUUUUUUAAACAUCAAAAUACUUAAACAUAAACAGCAGCAUAGUGAUCUAUUCUUCCCUAGAUCCUAACUGUUUUCCUGGUCCUCCUAACUCAUAAUCCCCUAAAUCAUCUCCCCCUUUGUCAUCAUGAAAAGGGGCAGCAGCAGCAGUAGGUGGAAUGGUUGGAGAAGAAGCAUCAGAUGAUGAAGAGAUAGUAGGCAUGAACAUGGGAUACAUAGGAACUGGGAAUGGGUUUUGUUCUGGUCUAGCAAACUCAUUCUUGUCACUUAUGGAGUCCUUCCACUCCUGACAGAGACUCUCACGCGUCUUUGUUCUUUUGCCUUUCCUUNNNNNNNNNNNNNNNNNNNNNNNNNNNNNNNNNNNNNNNNNNNNNNNNNNGAAGAGACUUAAGGGAAUCCAUUUGGACAGAUGAAUCAAAAGCUUGUGGAGCAAAUAAUUUGUCCACUGAAUCACAUUGAAACAAAGCAGAAUAAUCAUGCUUUUGAGGAGAGAUAAACAAUUUUGAAGGUUUUGUGAUUAUGGUUUUUUCAGUGAAACUUUGAAGAAUUUCUGAAGCUUUGACUUUUGACAGAGAAGCAUGAUUGCCAAAGUUUUCAAGCAGUUCCUGAUCUUCCUCCAUCACAGGAGAACGUUCUGAAGAACGUUCUGGAGGAUUGCAGUGUUCAUCAGAAGCAUUUUAUGGAACUGGAUUCUGCAGAUCAGGCCCAUCUUCCCUCUUUCUUUUGAGGUCAGAAGGAGGCUCAUCAACAGGUUCCUGCUUCAUGUGACUCAGAUUUUUUGGAGUAAAUUGAGAAUACUCAAAAACAGAUUUUUCACCUUCAAAAGGAAUAUGAUUCUUAAUGAAGAUUUUGGUAAGAGCCAUUCCAUAAGGAAGACAAGAUUUUUUGUUACGAGACUGAAUAACAUUGAUCAUGUUAUGAAUAAUGAUAUGAGGCAGACUCAAUUUUUCUUUCAUUAAGAGAUGAUACAUGACCAAGAGAUCAUUUGAACUAACAUGUUGAAAAUUACCAUUUCUAGGCAAGACACAAUGUUGGCUUAUGCCAUUCAGCAUUUUUGGGGUUGGCAGAAGGUUCGAAGAAACAAACUCAGUGACAUUUGGUUUGAAAAGGAGUUUGUAAACAUUUUCAGAAUUGACUUCAAGUUUUUCAAACCAAUCAUCACCAAAGACAGUUUGACCAGAAUUUGAGAUACCAAGAGUAUCAGAGAUUACCUGUGGAGUGAGACGUAUCUCAACAUCCUUAAUCCUAGACACUAUUAAGCUUUCCUCAGGGUAUGCUUCUGCCAUGAAAUAGAAAGCUUGGACAAGCUUUGGGUAGUGUCUCUCACGAAGCUGUAGAAAUUUGGUCCAGCCUUGCUCAUCAACAUACUCCUUAAGAACGACUUUGUCUUUUUCCAGCUUGACAAAAUCAUAAUACCUUCCAAUUCCAAUUGACCUAUUUCCCCAUUUUUCUUUGAAAUCCUUUUUCAGAGAAGGAUCAAACAGAGGUACUCUCUUUCCUGUAGAGAUAUGAAUGAUCUUCUGUUUUGAAGGAUUUUUGGGCUUUGGAGAACAUUCUGGAGAAUAAUCUGAAGAGAGUUCAUAGUCUUUAUCAGAAAGACUUUCUGAAGAACGUUCUGGAGAACGUUCUGGUUGAGCAGUUUGCUUCUGCUUUCCUUUGUCCUUCACAGUUGGUUUAGGCUUUGGUUUUGGUACAGAAACCUUGAUAGGAGGUUUAGAGACCUUUUUGUUACUCUUAGGUUUGGGCUUAAGAGGAGAAGGAGUUUUCUCAGCCAAAGGGGUAGUUGGUUCAGUUUCUUCAUCUGAAUCAGAGAUUUCAUGUACAGUUGUGUCUACACUGUUGGUUUUCUUUGUUCCAACUGCAGAACGAAGCCUUUGAGAUUUUCUAGGUCUUGGAUUAGGAGCAGAUUUAGCCUUCUUGGGAGGCAACUUCCUUUUGGUCAUGUUCCUGAGAUGAGGAGCCAUUUUGUUCAAGUUUGGAGGUUCCUGAGGAGCGGUUGGUUGAUCUUCAACACCUACUCUUGGUGUGUUGAGAUUUAGGUUGACCGAAGUUGGUUGUGGUUCAACGUAGAGUACCAUCGCGAGAGGAUGGAAGGAUUCAGGGUCAGGGAUGAAAGGAAGUUCUUCGUCGUUUUUCAAUGGAGUUUUUUCUGGUGUGGUUUCGGUGGUGAGAUAACCAUCUUGCAUGAUUGGUUCUGUGGAGUUAUUGAGCGGAGAUUGUGGUGGAGUUUCGAAUGGAGUGGUUUCCUUGGUUGGUGAUGGAGUUGAAUCGAACAGAGGAGGAGAUGACAGCGGUUUUGUCACCGGAGGAGAUGGUGGAGAAGGAGAACGGGUUGGUGAAGGUGAAGGAGAAGAGUCAUCUGGGUUAGUGUUUCCGGUUCCUUUGGUUCUAGCCAUUUUGUGAUGAAGAAAAUGGUGGUUGAGAGAAGAAGAAGAGACGGUUUGAAGAAGGAAGAAAGUGGGAGUUUAGAGAGAAAAAGUGAAAACCGGUUUUGGGAGAAGGAAAAAGGUAAGAAGUGACUAUUAGUGGUUUAAUGAUGAGAGAGAGGACAAGAGCAUUAAUGAGCUGUAAGAGAUUUCUUGGUAAUUAAAUUUCUACCUAGAGAUUAGCUUAAAUAGAACUAAGCUGAAAGGACAAGGUUGAGGCGUGACCCUCAAGCCAGUCUUUGGGAGACAUUUUUCAAAGAAUGUUUUCAGAACAUUCUGAUGAAGAGAGACUCUUCCUAUUUUAAUCCUUUGCAAGGAUUUUGAAUAAUAUGCAAUUUUUCUUUAAUGAAAUUAAAGUGAUCCUCAACUAAAGGUUUAGUAAAGAUAUCAGCUAAUUGAUUUUUUGUAUCAACAAAAAUCAAUUCAAUUUCCUUUUUAUUGACAUGAUCCCUAAUGAAAUGAUGUUUUAUUUCAAUAUGUUUUGAUCUUGAAUGUUGAAUGGGAUUCUUUGAUAAAUUUAUUGCACUUGUAUUGUCACAAAAUACUGGAAUAUUUGUGUACCUUAUUGAGAAAUCUUCAAGUUGAUUUUUAAUCCAGAGAACUUGAGAACAACAGUUGGCUGCUGACACAUAUUCUGCUUCUGUAGUUGACAGAGCUAUAGUGUUCUGCUUUCUGCAUGACCAACUUAUGAGUGCAUUCCCAAGAAACUGACAUGCUCCACUUGUACUUUUUCUUUCUAUUCUGUCUCCAGCAUAGUCAUCAUCACAGUAUGCUAUAAGAUCAAAACAAGACCCUUUGCUAUACCAAAGGCCAAGAUCAGUAGUACCUACUAGAUAUCUGAAAAUUCUUUUUACAGCAGUUAAAUGAGAUUCCCUUGGAGAGGUUUGAAAACGUGCACAUAAACCAACAGCAAAAACAAUAUCUGGUCUGCUAGCAGUUAAGUACAACAGAGAUCCAAUCAUACCUCUGUAUUCUUUUUCAGAAAUGGUUUUUCCAUUUUCAUCCUUAUCUAAAUUAGAUGUUGGAUGCAUGGGAGUUGCCAUUAUUUUGGCUUCAUUCAUUUUAUAUUUUUUAAGAAGAUCUCUUAUAUAUUUUUCUUGACAAAUAAAAAUGCCAUUUGAUUCUUGCUUAAUUUGCAAGCCAAGAAAGAAUCUUAAUUCUCCCAUCAUACUCAUUUCGAAUUCACUUUGCAUGAGAUUUGAAAAAUCAUCACACAUUUUUUCAUUUGUUGAACCGAAUAUGAUAUCAUCAACAUAAAUUUGAACAAUUAAAAAAUUUGUUUUGUCAUUUUUUCUAAAAAGGGUUGUAUCAAUUUUUCCUCUAGAAAAAUCAUUUUUGAUUAAGAAUGGACUUAACCUUUCAUACCAAGCUCGAGGAGCUUGUUUAAGACCAUAUAGUGCUUUUGUGAGUUUAAACACAUGAUUAGGUUUGUUUGUGUUCUCAAAACCAGGAGGUUGAUGAACAUAAACUUCCUCAUUUAAAAAUCCAUUUAAAAAGGCACUUUUGACAUCCAUUUGAAAUAAUUUAAUAUUUUUAUGAGAUGCAUAUGCAAGAAGAAUUCUAAUUGCUUCUAACCUGGCUACCGGAGCAAAGGUUUCAUCGUAAUCAAUACCUUCUUGUUGAUUGUACCCUUGAGCUACCAAUCUAGCUUUGUUUCUGAUAACUUUUCCUUCUUCAUUUAGUUUAUUUCUAAAUACCCAUCUUGUUCCAAUGAUGGAUUGAUUUUGAGGUUUAGGAACAAGAUUCCAUACUUCAUUCUUUUCAAAUUGAGAGCGUUCUUCUUCCAUGGCUUUUACCCAUGAUUCUUCACAUAUUGCUUCUUGUAUAUUUUUUGGUUCAAUGUGAGAAAUCAUUGCCAUGUUGACAUCAUUAUUCAUAAAUGAUCGUCUUGUUCUUAUUCCAUCAGAUGUGUCUCCAACGAUUUGUUCAGGAGGAUGAUCACCGACGGUUUUCCAGCUUUUUGGAAGAACUUGAGAAGAAUGUUCUUGAGAAUCAUUACUUUCUUUUUGAGGAAUUUCUUCUUCAUCUUCUUUGUUGAUUAUCAAGUCAUCAAACUCAUCAAAAAUAACAUGCAUGCUUAUUUCCAUGGUUUGAUUUUUCAAAUUAUAAAUUCUAUAUCCUUUGGAGUUUGUUGCAUAUCCUAAGAAUAUUCCUUUAUCUGAUUUUGAAUCAAAUUUUCCUAGAUUUUCUUUAUCAUUUAAAAUAUAACAAUAACAUCCAAAAAUAUGAAAAUAUGAGAUGUUAGGUUUUAUAUUUUUCCAGAGUUCGUAUGGGGUUUUGUUUAAAACUUUUCUAAUUGAAACCCUGUUUAUGAUAUAACAAGAAGUAUUUAUGGCUUCAGCCCAAAAGUAUUUUUCUACAUUUGAUUCAUUUAACAUUGUUCUUGCCAUUUCUUGGAGUGUUCUAUUUUUUCUUUCAACAACUCCAUUUUGUUGUGGAGUUCUUGCACAUGAAAAAUUAUGAGAAAUUCCUUUUUCAUCAAAGAAGUUUUUAAAGAAAGCAUUUUCAAAUUCUCCUCCAUGAUCACUUCUUACUGAAAUGAUUUUUGAUUCUUUUUCAUUUUGAACUAAUGUGCAAAAAGUUUUGAAUGCUUCACAAGCUUCAUCUUUAUGUUUUAAAAAUAGAACCCAUGUAUAUCUGGAAAAAUCAUCAACUAUAACAAACCCAUAUUGUUUUCCACUUAGACUGGCGGUUUUAACAGGACCAAAUAGAUCUAUGUGAAGUAGUUCAAGAGGUCUCUUAGUUGAAACAAAAUCAUUUGUUUUAAAACUGCUUUUAACUUGUUUACCUCUUGUACAAGCUUCGCAUAUUCUAUCUUUUUCAAAAUCAAUUUUUGGAAGUCCUCUUACAAGAUCCAGUUUGGCGAUUUUUGAAAUAGUUUUCAUACUUAUAUGUCCAGCUCUUUUGUGCCAAAUCCAUUUAUCUUUUUCAAGUGUCAUAAAACAUGUUUCUGCUGGAAUAUCAUCUAAGUAUAAAGCAUAUAGGUUUUUCUUUCUAGAAGCGGUAAAGAAAAUCUUACCUGAGGAUGUAUGUUUUACAAUACAUGUAUUAGGUUUGAAAAUAACUUCAAAGCCACUAUCACAUAAUUGACUUAUGCUUAGUAGAUUGUGUUUUAAACCUUCAACAUAUUGAACAUCCUCAAUUUUUGCAGAGUCUUUUUUACCAAUAAUACCUUUACCUUUAAUUUGUCCUUUGUCAUUAUUGCCAAAGGUUACUAGACCUCCUUCCUUUUUUGUGAAGGAGAUGAAGCAUUGUUUAUCCCCAGUCAUGUGUCUAGAACAACCACUGUCCAAGUACCAUGGCUUUGUUCUUGCAUCUUGUGAGGAUCCCUGCAUUUUGAGUUAGUGGUUCCUUAGGUACCCAUGAAGAUGUGGGUCCUUUGUGGUUAGUUUCUUUGGUCUCAAGAUGUUUAAUCUUGAGAAAACAGUUUAAUUCUAGAUGACCUAAUCUCUUACAAUAUGAGCAUUCUUUUCUUUUUAAUGAGAAAGAAUGUUCUGGAGAAUGUUCUGAGAUAGAUGGUUCUUCUUUAAUUUCUAGUUUUCUCUUUUUAUGAAAACAGACUGAUUCAUGAUGUCCCCUUUUAUUACAGAAAGAACAUUUUAGUUUUUGUGGUAUAAGAACCUUUUCAUAAAUUUGAUUAAAACCUAAACCAGUUUUGUCAAAUUCUGCCAUUUGUGAACCCACAAUUUUUUGAAAUGUUUCUGUUGAUUUUAUAAACUGUGAAAGAUCAUUUCUAAGUUCUUUGACUUCCUUUUUAAGAAUAACAUUUUCAUUUUUAGAAAUUUCAGGAAGUUUUGUUUUUCCAAAAGCUUUUAAUUUUUCAGCUGCUUGAAAAUAAGAAUCUUGUAGACUUUGAAUGAUUUUCUUUUGAUCAUUAUUCAAAGUUUGAAGUUUCUCUUUUUCUUCUUUUAACUCAGAAAUUUCUUUUUGUAAAGAGUGACAUUUGUUUGUUAAGAAAUUUGAGUCAAAUAAAAGACUAUCAAAUUUAUUUUCUAACUCUUUAUAUACUAGAGGUUGGUUGAUAAGAAUUACCUCUUCGUUUUCUGAAUCUGCCAUUAGAACCAUGUUGGCUUCAGUGUCUUCAUCUUUUGAUUCUUCAAGAUCAUCCCAUGUAAACAUUGAUUUUGAGUAGGGAGAUUUUUUCUGACUCUUUUUGUUUAAUGGACAUUCGUUUUUGUAAUGUCUUAAUUUGUUGCAUCCAAAGCAGGUUACUUGACUUUUGUCAACUUCUCCUUUUGAGUUAUCUUUCUUGUUAGGAAAGUAUUUCUUUAUUUGAUCUCUUCUUCUCAUCAUUCUUUGAAUCUUCUUUGUGAUGAGAGCUAGUUCGUCUUCUGCUUCACCUUGGAUGUUUUCUUCUUCAUUGGUUUCUUUAAUUUCUUCGCUUUGUGAAAAGACAUCUUCUUGUUCACUUUGAGAUGCUUUGAGAGCAACCAUCUUUCCUUUCCUUGAUGGUUUAUCAUCUUGCAGCAGCGUCUCAUGAGCUUUUAAUGACCCAAUGAGAUCUUCAAGAGCUAAAGAGUUUAAGUCUUUAGCUUGUGUGAUUGCAGUUACCAUGGGUCUCCAUGUGCUUGGAAGACAUCUUAAGAUUUUUCUUAUCCGAUCAUGAGUGGUAUAAGUUUUUCCAAGUGAUCUUAAUUCAUUCACAAUAGAUGUGAAUCUGGAGUACAUUUCAUCAAUGUUCUCAUCUUCGUUCAUUUCGAAGAUUUCAAAUUUUCUUACGCCAAUGUCUAUUCUUGUUUCUUUUACAUGGCUAGUUCCUUCAUGAUGAAUUUUUAGAGUGUCCCACACUUCUUUUGCAGUCACACAUUCAUCAACUCUUUCACUUUCUUCCAUGCUUAGUGCGCAUGAUAGAAAGAGUCGAGCUUUAGAGUUUAGAAGUACUUUUUCUUUAUCUUCUUUUGACCAUGAUGCUUCUGGUGUGAGUGUCUCCACCUUUGUUGUUGCAUCGGUUGUCAUAGGUAUGUGUUCUCCAUUUGUGAUUAUUUUCCACAUAUCCACAUCUUGGGAUCUAAGGAAUAGUUCCAUUUUUCCUUUCCAGAAAUAAUAGUUCUUUCCAUUGAAGAAUGGUGGUCUUGUGCAUGAUAGACCUUCUGGUAUAUACUUUUCUUUUGACAUUGCCUUCUUCCUGAAUCUUUUCCUCCAACACUUGUUAGGUGUUUUUGUAGAGCCCGAGCUCUGAUACCAAUUGAAGUAGCAAUAAACGUCACAAGAAAGGGGGGGGGGUUUGAAUUGUGACCCUUUUAAAAAUUAUUCCUGAAACUUAAUUUUAGAUUUAUAUACUCAAGAAUAAUCUUGGUGAAUGUUAGUUUAUCAAGAUUAGAGUAUAUAACAAUUAAUUGAAUUAGAAUAGAACGUUCUGAAGAAUGAUUAUAAACAGAAUGAGAAAAAUGAAGUUAAGUUAAAAGAUUAUUUUAGCAAGGACCAGAAUGUUCUGGAGAUUAAUAAAAUAAUGUGUGUGUGUUGUGUAACUUUAAAUAAAGAGAGAGAGAGAGAGAGAGAGAGAGAGAGAGAGAGAGAGAGAGAGAGAGAGAAAGAGAAAAAUAACACAGGAGAGUUAUCCUGGUUCACCAAACCCGGCUACUUCCAGUCCCCACACCUCGUGUGAGAUUAUCCACUAUAGUUUUCUUGCUAACAGAAACUUCUGACUAGCACUACAAUUUCUUGAUCACACCAGAUCAGUCCGUAACACCUGUAUUAUCAACCUCAGCAGGCUUAUACAAUUCUUUGCACACUAGCAAAAGAAAGGUUGGAAUUUUCUAUCUCAAAACUAUUAAGCCCAAUAGACUUUGAGAAAUACAACACACUUUGUAUGAAGAGAUUUGUUUGGAUAGAAUAAAUACUCAAAUCUUUGUUUGAGUUUUACAAGAGGCAAAUUCAAGAGAGAUGAUCCAAGAGAUAUAGUGAGAGAGCUUGGAAUUUGCUUUGUAUGUGAAGAGCUUUGUUUGUAGUGAUGAUUUUCACUUUGAGAGAUAUUAGCUUUCAAAACUCUUGCUUAUGACCUUCAAAGGCCCUUGUAUUUAUAGGUGAGGAGUGUCUUGGUGACCAAGGGAGAAAAUAGAGCUGUUGGACACGUUUUUGAUAGCUGUCCAAAGUCUCAUUUGAUUUCUCUUUUCUUCUUAAAAAUAGCCAGAACGUUCUCAGAAUGUUCUUUCUGAUUUGCCUGACUUUGAAAGCACUGUUGCUUUGCUUGCGCAUGAGAUAACCAGCUGUAAUGAGCUGUAUAACUUGCAGCCCACUUCUGAUGAUGUCAUGUCCUUUUGCUCUAGUGAUGUCAUGCUUAAGUAAGCCAUGUGAUCUUAUCCAUUUAAUGGGCUUUACUUUUCCAAAUGGGCUUAAAGCUUUUCUUAUGGCCCAAUAGACAUAAUCAGCCAAGCUUUCUUGCUGUGCAGACUUGUUCGCUUUUGAUGUACUGUUCCUUUUUCAUCGUUUUCGCCAGAACGUUCUCAUUUCAUUCUCAUGAAACAAAUUCUCACAAAAACGAAUUAGUAGAUAACAAGAUUAAAUAAAUAUAAUAUGUUUGUAAUCUUUAAAACAUCAAAUAAGGAUUUUGUCUCAACAAUCUCCCCCUUUUUGAUGAUGACAAACAUUUAUAAUUUAUUUUGAUUUUGAUUUUGAGUUUUUGAAAAAUUUGUUAAAAACUCCCCCUCAAGUUUAGCAACCAAAAUUUUGUGCCAUUUUGAGAGUUUUCCAGAAUUUGUUUAUGGACAAUUGAGUUUGAUAAUUUUAUCAAAGAACUCCCCCUCAAUUCAUGCAUUCAAGAUUUAAUAUGCAAAAUGAGAAUAUAGAACAUAAACAACAUAAUUCAUAAAUCAUGAAGAUCAUUACAAGGUAUCAAACCUAGCAUUUCAAAACAUCAAAAAGCAUUGUUCAUAUGCGCACAUACUAGCAGCAAUUUGAUCCUUAGUUAAUCAUGAUCAAAAGACAUAAACAGAGAAAUAAAAACAGAGUUUUUUUUAAACAUCAAAAUACUUAAACAUAAACAGCAGCAUAGUGAUCUAUUCUUCCCUAGAUCCUAACUGUUUUCCUGGUCCUCCUAACUCAUAAUCCCCUAAAUCAUCUCCCCCUUUGUCAUCAUGAAAAGGGGCAGCAGCAGCAGUAGGUGGAAUGGUUGGAGAAGAAGCAUCAGAUGAUGAAGAGAUAGUAGGCAUGAACAUGGGAUACAUAGGAACUGGGAAUGGGUUUUGUUCUGGUCUAGCAAACUCAUUCUUGUCACUUAUGGAGUCCUUCCACUUCCUUGACAGAGACAUUUCAAAAGUCAUCCAAGACAGAUAAUGCAAAAUUGCAUUGUUCCCUUCAAUUACCCUAGUCAAGUCACUGCGUGUCUUGCUGCAGUCUUUCUCAACCUUGGACCUUUUGGUUGGCCUUUCAUUGUGCUCAAAAAUCCUUUGCGCCAUUGAAGGAGAUUCAUUGAAUCUUGAAGGAAAGGAGAGAUUAGUUUGAAGAGACUUAAGGGAAUCCAUUUGGACAGAUGAAUCAAAAGCUUGUGGAGCAAAUAAUUUGUCCACUGAAUCACAUUGAAACAAAGCAGAAUAAUCAUGCUUUUGAGGAGAGAUAAACAAUUUUGAAGGUUUUGUGAUUAUGGUUUUUUCAGUGAAACUUUGAAGAAUUUCUGAAGCUUUGACUUUUGACAGAGAAGCAUGAUUGCCAAAGUUUUCAAGCAGUUCCUGAUCUUCCUCCAUCACAGGAGAACGUUCUGAAGAACGUUCUGGAGGAUUGCAGUGUUCAUCAGAAGCAUUUUAUGGAACUGGAUUCUGCAGAUCAGGCCCAUCUUCCCUCUUUCUUUUGAGGUCAGAAGGAGGCUCAUCAACAGGUUCCUGCUUCAUGUGACUCAGAUUUUUUGGAGUAAAUUGAGAAUACUCAAAAACAGAUUUUUCACCUUCAAAAGGAAUAUGAUUCUUAAUGAAGAUUUUGGUAAGAGCCAUUCCAUAAGGAAGACAAGAUUUUUUGUUACGAGACUGAAUAACAUUGAUCAUGUUAUGAAUAAUGAUAUGAGGCAGACUCAAUUUUUCUUUCAUUAAGAGAUGAUACAUGACCAAGAGAUCAUUUGAACUAACAUGUUGAAAAUUACCAUUUCUAGGCAAGACACAAUGUUGGCUUAUGCCAUUCAACAUUUUUGGGGUUGGCAGAAGGUUCGAAGACACAAACUCAGUGACAUUUGGUUUGAAAAGGAGUUUGUAAACAUUUUCAGAAUUGACUUCAAGUUUUUCAAACCAAUCAUCACCAAAGACAGUUUGACCAUAAUUUGAGAUACCAAGAGUAUCAGAGAUUACCUGUGGAGUGAGACGUAUCUCAACAUCCUUAAUCCUAGACACUAUUAAGCUUUCCUCAGGGUAUGCUUCUGCCAUGAAAUAGAAAGCUUGGACAAGCUUUGGGUAGUGUCUCUCACGAAGCUGUAGAAAUUUGGUCCAGCCUUGCUCAUCAACAUACUCCUUAAGAACGACUUUGUCUUUUUCCAGCUUGACAAAAUCAUAAUACCUUCCAAUUCCAAUUGACCUAUUUCCCCAUUUUUCUUUGAAAUCCUUUUUCAGAGAAGGAUCAAACAGAGGUACUCUCUUUCCUGUAGAGAUAUGAAUGAUCUUCUGUUUUGAAGGAUUUUUGGGCUUUGGAGAACAUUCUGGAGAAUAAUCUGAAGAGAGUUCAUAGUCUUUAUCAGAAAGACUUUCUGAAGAACGUUCUGGAGAACGUUCUGGUUGAGCAGUUUGCUUCUGCUUUCCUUUGUCCUUCACAGUUGGUUUAGGCUUUGGUUUUGGUACAGAAACCUUGAUAGGAGGUUUAGAGACCUUUUUGUUACUCUUAGGUUUGGGCUUAAGAGGAGAAGGAGUUUUCUCAGCCAAAGGGGUAGUUGGUUCAGUUUCUUCAUCUGAAUCAGAGAUUUCAUGUACAGUUGUGUCUACACUGUUGGUUUUCUUUGUUCCAACUGCAGAANNNNNNNNNNNNNNNNNNNNNNNNNNNNNNNNNNNNNNNNNNNNNNNNNNAAAUAAUAUAAAUCAAGUAGGGGAGGGGGUGGGUGGUGUGGGGUUAGAAGAAAAGAAUAUUUUUUUUUUUUUUUGUUUUUUUUUGAAAAAUUUUUGCCCCAUUAUAAAAAAACCCCUUGUUUUGUCUUUGAUUUGUUCUUUAUUUUUUUUUUUUUUUUUUUAAAAAGAAUUCUCCCCAUGAUAAAAAAAUGUUUUUUGGAGUGGAGGGAGGUUUUUUUUUAGAGUUUUUUUUUUUUUAAAGGACACUUUGGUUUUUGUUAAAGUUUUUAAAUUUUUGGGCAUCCCAAAACCAGGGUAACUUGACCUUUUUUCAAAUUUUUUCCUUUUGGAGUUUUUUUUUUUUUUUUAGGGAAAAGUAUUUUUUUUAUUUUGAUUUUUUUUUUUUCCAUCAAUUUUUGAAAUCUUUUUUUGGGAGAAGAGCUAUGUUCUUUUUUUGGCUUCCCCUUGGAUGUUUUUCUUUUUCAUUGGUUUCUUUAUUUCUUCGCUUUGUGAAAAGACAUCUUCUUGUUCACUUUGAGAUGCUUUGAGAGCAACCAUCUUUCCUUUCCUUGAUGGUUUAUCAUCUUGCAGCAGCGUCUCAUGAGCUUUUAAUGACCCAAUGAGAUCUUCAAGAGCUAAAGAGUUUAAGUCUUUAGCUUGUGUGAUUGCAGUUACCAUGGGUCUCCAUGUGCUUGGAAGACAUCUUAAGAUUUUUCUUAUCCGAUCAUGAGUGGUAUAAGUUUUUCCAAGUGAUCUUAAUUCAUUCACAAUAGAUGUGAAUCUGGAGUACAUUUCAUCAAUGUUCUCAUCUUCGUUCAUUUCGAAGAUUUCAAAUUUUCUUACGCCAAUGUCUAUUCUUGUUUCUUUUACAUGGCUAGUUCCUUCAUGAUGAAUUUUUAGAGUGUCCCACACUUCUUUUGCAGUCACACAUUCAUCAACUCUUUCACUUUCUUCCAUGCUUAGUGCGCAUGAUAGAAAGAGUCGAGCUUUAGAGUUUAGAAGUACUUUUUCUUUAUCUUCUUUUGACCAUGAUGCUUCUGGUGUGAGUGUCUCCACCUUUGUUGUUGCAUCGGUUGUCAUAGGUAUGUGUUCUCCAUUUGUGAUUAUUUUCCACAUAUCCACAUCUUGGGAUCUGAGGAAUAGUUCCAUUUUUCCUUUCCAGAAAUAAUAGUUCUUUCCAUUGAAGAAUGGUGGUCUUGUGCAUGAUAGACCUUCUGGUAUAUACUUUUCUUUUGACAUUGCCUUCUUCCUGAAUCUUUUCCUCCAACACUUGUUAGGUGUUUUUGUAGAGCCCGGGCUCUGAUACCAAUUGAAGUAGCAAUAAACGUCACAAGAAAGGGGGGGGGGUUUGAAUUGUGACCCUUUUAAAAAUUAUUCCUGAAACUUAAUUUUAGAUUUAUAUACUCAAGAAUAAUCUUGGUGAAUGUUAGUUUAUCAAGAUUAGAGUAUAUAACAAUUAAUUGAAUUAGAACAGAACGUUCUGAAGAAUGAUUAUAAACAGAAUGAGAAAAAUGAAGUUAAGUUAAAAGAUUAUUUUAGCAAGGACCAGAAUGUUCUGGAGAUUAAUAAAAUAAUGUGUGUGUGUUGUGUAACUUUAAAUAAAGAGAGAGAGAGAGAGAGAGAGAGAGAGAGAGAGAGAGAAAAAUAACACAGGAGAGUUAUCCUGGUUCACCAAACCCGGCUACUUCCAGUCCCCACACCUCGUGUGAGAUUAUCCACUAUAGUUUUCUUGCUAACAGAAACUUCUGACUAGCACUACAAUUUCUUGAUCACACCAGAUCAGUCCGUAACACCUGUAUUAUCAACCUCGGCAGGCUUAUACAAUUCUUUGCACACUAGCAAAAGAAAGGUUGGAAUUUUCUAUCUCAAAACUAUUAAGCCCAAUAGACUUUGAGAAAUACAACACACUUUGUAUGAAGAGAUUUGUUUGGAUAGAAUAAAUACUCAAAUCUUUGUUUGAGUUUUACAAGAGGCAAAUUCAAGAGAGAUGAUCCAAGAGAUAUAGUGAGAGAGCUUGGAAUUUGCUUUGUAUGUGAAGAGCUUUGUUUGUAGUGAUGAUUUUCACUUUGAGAGAUAUUAGCUUUCAAAACUCUUGCUUAUGACCUUCAAAGGCCCUUGUAUUUAUAGGUGAGGAGUGUCUUGGUGACCAAGGGAGAAAAUAGAGCUGUUGGACACGUUUUUGAUAGCUGUCCAAAGUCUCAUUUGAUUUCUCUUUUCUUCUUAAAAAUAGCCAGAACGUUCUCAGAAUGUUCUUUCUGAUUUGCCUGACUUUGAAAGCACUGUUGCUUUGCUUGCGCAUGAGAUAACCAGCUGUAAUGAGCUGUAUAACUUGCAGCCCACUUCUGAUGAUGUCAUGUCCUUUUGCUCUAGUGAUGUCAUGCUUAAGUAAGCCAUGUGAUCUUAUCCAUUUAAUGGGCUUUACUUUUCCAAAUGGGCUUAAAGCUUUUCUUAUGGCCCAAUAGACAUAAUCAGCCAAGCUUUCUUGCUGUGCAGACUUGUUCGCUUUUGAUGUACUGUUCCUUUUUCAUCGUUUUCGCCAGAACGUUCUCAUUUCAUUCUCAUGAAACAAAUUCUCACAAAAACGAAUUAGUAGAUAACAAGAUUAAAUAAAUAUAAUAUGUUUGUAAUCUUUAAAACAUCAAAUAAGGAUUUUGUCUCAACAAUUAUAACAUUACGAAUGAGGUUACAUUUUAAGAUGCAAGAUUGCCGUAAUUUAACAAUCCAAAGUGAGUAAUCAAACAGACACGCGAGACUAAUUAUCACAUUAUGAACGACGAUCAGAUUUUAAGAUGCAAGUAUCGCAUGUCUGUUUCAUUACUCACUACUUUUCCUUAUGUGUAAACUUUUCAAGGCUACGGUGACACCGCAAUUCAAAAUAUGCAAGAAGUACUGAAAUUUGGUCGAAACGAUAUAUUUUAAUAUGCAGCAAUGAUCUCAUUAAAAAAACCAAGACGAGCUUUGAAAACAAACAUGUGAUAGAUAUUAUAACAUUACGAAUGAGGAUACAUUUUAAGAUGCAAGAUUGCUGCAAUUUAACAAUCAAAAGUGAGUAAUGAAACAGACACGCGAGACUACUUAUCACAUUAUGAACGACGAUCAGAUUUUUUGAAUGCAGCAAUGCCGCUUUUUGAAAAAUCUGAUACACUACUUUUCCUUAUGUGUAAACUUAUAAAGGCUACGGUGACACCGCGAUUCAAAAUAUGCAAGAAGUACUGAAUAUUGGUUGAAACGAAAUAUUUUAUUAUGCAGCAAUGUGAAAUUUAAAAAAACCAAGAUGCAGCAAUGCCGCUUUCAAAAAACUCUAAUUGUGUUUUGAAACAAACACGUGAUAAUAUAUUCGACAGUAUAAUACAUUCCGUUGUAUUGAAACAUCUGGUGUAAAAUAAUAUCUACUAUGAUAAUAUAUAUUUUCAACGACUGACAACACAUUAUAUUAUGUAUAAAAGAAAUAACCUUUAAACAUACACGGAUACACGUUAAAGUAAAAGUAUGAAGGUUCCUCUGACACCGCAAUUCAAAAUAUUCGCACAGCAAAGAAAUUAGAUUCCGUCAACAAUGACAAAGUUGUGAGCAUUUAAGUAAGAAACUCAACAAAAAGUGAAAUGCAGCAAUGCUGCUUUCAAAAAACUCUAAUUGUGUUUUUCAUAGAAUCAUACUCCCUUAAAAUAGGUUUCAACGAAAGGUCAGACAUACCAGAUAAACUGUGCAAAGCUUUGCGAGUAUUCUCUGCAACAUCAUUAUCCAUUCUGUUUCGUUUGAUCCACCUUGACUACUAAUUAGCCGUAACAAUAAGUUUUUUUGCAGAGAGAACAGAUGUGUAAGUAUGAGCCUCCAAAUGAUAUGUAAACCAAUGAAUUACCGCAUAAAUAGACAUUAAUGCGAUUUGGGUAACAACAAUUCUGAAUUAAUGACAUGACUUUGAAGCUGAACAGACACGUCCAAACAUUGAAUCAAAAAGAUCGUGAAACAAAGCAUGGGAAAACACUAUAUGAAUCUCUUCCAUAAUGCAAUCAAAGAGAAGUAUAUGACAAUUAAUACUAAUCAUAUAUCUUAUCUGUAACAUCAGCAGAAAUGAUGUUUUUUUUUGUAUAUCUGAGCAUCUUGAUAACUAAAAACGCACAUCUGACCGCAAUAAACCUACCCAAUUAUCAUACUGCUGAUGGAUUAGCAAUUUAAGGAAACACAUCAAUCUAAAAAUAUAAUGAGAUCAUCUGAUUAUAAAGGUUGUUACAAUUUUAUUAGGUGCAUUUGACUAAUAUCAUUGCCGAUUCCAUCAUUAUUAUUUAUCUAUCAAGAAAACGCCGUUGCUACAAAGCAAUAUAUUAAUAACAACAACGCCGCGUGUAGCAUUGUAUUCGUCUGUACACAAUAGGAGGUGAAUACUGCAUCUUAAUUUGUUUAUUCAAUAAAGAAGUUGUGCCAUUACAGGGAUUAAAAAAGAAAAAAGCACCAUUGCAUUAUCGGAAUAACCCACACCUUUUGAAUUACAUAAGACUGAUUUUCUAUUUUGCCUACCAGAACUUGCAAUACUAAAAAUGCAAAAUUUAAAAGAAUCUAAUAUAGAGCAUUAUUCACUUCUAAACAUCACACCCUUCUUAAUGAAAAAAAGAAAAAAAAAAUGAUGCAUUCAAACAAAAUAUGAAGCAUAAGUCUGCCACGCCACCACUAAAACUCAUCCAAACGUUGCACAUUGUUAAGAAGAUCAGUUGCGAAUCACACGAAGGUAGAGAGUUGUGUUGCUUCCAGCCAUUGGAGCACCAAGAACUAAUCGGGAACCUUGGCGAAGCCUGCGUGCCAUAACCAAUCUCUUCCAGCCACCUCCGAUUAUGAAAUGAGGUCCGCCAUCAGUAGCAAACAUCAAAGUACAGCCCCACACAUUGCCAUUGUCAUCAAAGUAAAGCGAAUAAAGUAAGUUUGUUUACUGUCAAAUGCAUAUAAAUAUAAUUACUCACGUUAAUAAAGUUAAGCUCGACUGUGUAAGUUCUAUACUUGAUACGAAGAUCAUUGACAAUCCUUUCCAAUUCAGAAUUCGGAUUAGGGUUCAGAGGUGCUGUUAUAAAAAAACAACAAAAAAGAAACAUAAGUGAGUUGUACAAAACUGGAAAUAACAACAUCAAAUGAUGGAAACUUAUACCUAUCAAAGCAUGGUAGGAAAGCAGUGCCUGGAUUCCAUUAUUUGCCAUGGGAUUCGAUUGAACUUGAAAAAGAAUGAGAUGUGAUUUUUUUGAUUCCAUGGUAUGGUAUAUAUACACGUUCAGAUUCAUUCACUAUGAUAAGGAGGUUAUGAUACCUAUACAUUGUUAUCAUAUCAAAGGCUUUGGAAUCAAUAACAACAUUAAAUGCAAUCAUGGAAUGGGGGAAGCCACAACCAAAAGCGUUAAAUGUAAUUAGCAUGGGGAAACUGAAAGUGCCAAGUCAAAUGAGAUCAAAGGAUGAGAUGAAUGCUUAGCUAGCUCAUUUGAUCAAACGGCUCUCCUUAAUUGGCGCCCAAAAUGGCUAGGUUUAGGGUUUUGCAAGGUAAUUAGCAUUGUUAACAAAGAUUAGAUAUAAGUAUGAUAAGAUAAGAUAAGAUAUAUUGAAUUUUAAUAAAUUUUUAAUUUUUAAAAUAAGAGAGGGCCUAAGCCCAAGAAAAAAACUACACUAAAAGUACAUAAAAUUGCUUUUCUUACUGCAAAAACUUUCUAAUAACACAUGAAAGUUACUAAAUUGUCCAUAGAAGUAGUUAACUACCAUUGGCAAGUCCGACAUCAGUUAAUUACCACUGACUCCCAACUGCAGUUAACUACCGCUGGCUCAUCUGCACUUAAGUUCGGUUCCUAGCAGAGCAUCAAUUGUGAUUAUGCGCGUUUCGGUCGAAAAAAAUAAAAAAAUCGAGACUUAUUUGGAAUGUUACGGAACAUUCCACAUCCUCUAUAUGUAUUUUUACAGAGGUGUCUAUAAAUUUGGUAACAUUCCGACUAAGUCUCGAUAUAUUUUGAUUUUUUGACCGAACCGUGCAAAAUCACAAUUUUUUUCAAGUUCGAGUCCGGAAAAGUGACCUAGACGUUGAAUUUUUUCAUGAUUUUUUGCACUCAUGUUUAGGACAAAAAAGAACAUCUCCCACAAAAAUUUUGAACUUUUUCGACAAUGGACGAAUCCUUUAUAUCUAAUCCUAGCAAACAUGCAAACCCUAAUUCCACAAUCCUAAACCUAAAAAAUUGGCUCCCAAAUUUGAAAUUUGAAUUUCAUAUUGGAAAACCAAUGCACACUACUCAAUACAUAUCUUAAGGGCUAGGAUUAAAUGCGACUAAUACCUCAAAUUCGUCCUUGAAUUUUAAAAAAUCGGUCAAAUUCGUCCCUGAAUUUUGCGAAAUAUCUAUUUAGUCCCUGAAUUUACAAAAUAUCAAUCAAAUCAGUCCCUCUGUUAAGUUGGUCUGUUUACGGAGGUGACGUGUAACGUUAACCUCUUACAAGGCUUACCAUGUCAGAUGUCACGCAAGCAGGGACCAAAUUGAUUGAUUUACAGAAAAUUGUCAAGGACCAAAUUGAUGGAUUUUCAGAAAAUUGCCAACGUUUCCAAGGACCAAAUUGAUGGAUUUUCAGAAAAUUCCCAACGACUCUUUCUCCCGUUUCUCAUUAAAGAAUCUUUCUCCUCUUCCUCAUUAACGGCUCUUUCUUCCCCAAAUAUAUAAAUUUGGAACCCUAAUGUUAUAAUUUGUUACCUAGAGUUCAAAAUCCCCCAAAUUUCUUCCAUGACUUGAUGUCAAUGUUCUUCCCAAUUAAAUAAACUUAACACCCUAAUUUUUUUGAUUCAAUUCGAAAUUCAAAAACCAAUGGUCAUUGUUGAAGAUUCGGUGUUCAGAAAUGAUGGGUAGUGGGCGUAUGGGCAAAAAAAACUACAAUAGUCAGUCUUCAUCUUCAAGCUCUAUGUACAAUGAUAAGGUGAGAGAGCUUCAAUGUUGCUGACCUAGAAUUUGUGUUGUAAGAGAAGCCAACACUGUCAAUAACCAAGGAAGGCCUUUCUAUAUCUUCCCUCUGCCAAAGGUUUGUUUAACAAUGGUUAUGUGAUGUGUAAAUGGUUUGUUUAAGAUAUUCAUAGGAGUAUUUUGUUUGAUUGAGUUGUUUAAAAUGAUAUUGUAUUGUGCCAAGUCCAUGUAAUGUUGUAAUGAAAAGAGGUUGUCAAUGAAUGAAUCAAACCCUUCUGUCAAAAAAUUUCAAUCAAAUUGGUCCUUGAAUUAUAUGCAUAUCCAUCAUAUCGAUCCUAAAAUUAGUGAUAAUACCAUCAAAUAGGUCCUUGAAUUUUCACAACAGAUAUCACUGUGAUCCUUGGUGCAUAUAUUUGCUGAACAAAGUAAAAAGUAAAAGACAUGCACUUUGACUAUAAAAAGACAGACAUUUGCAUACCAUCAUAAGUCAUAUAUUUGAUGUUCAUAAGUCAUUACAUAGCCAAAAAAAUAACAUUACAUAGCCAUAAAGUCAUCAAAUCGUUUGAUGUUCUUAAGUGAUUACAUAUCUGUUAUCACGAUUUUGGGGUAUCAAGUCAUUAAUUAGGCUUGAACCUUUCAAUCUUUGAUAUUCUCUAUUUUUUCUUGGGAAGGGAAAAAUUGAGAAAACCCUUAGAAAUUCUAAGUUCGGGGGUCGUUUUCGUUACGGGAAGGUGUUAGGAACCCGCAAUGACUAUAGUACUCUAUAGGAACCGUUUUCUUAGUUUUAUGUCUACGCUUUAUUUUUAAUGCUAUUUAUUGAAAAAAGAAGUUGUUUAUUUAGGUUAAGAAUGGAGGGAGAAAAUGUUUGGGAUUUUAUUUAUUGGACUUGGAGAGGUUUUGACCUCUUGCCUACAUACCCUUUUAAGGGAUCAAAAUUCCAUGUAGUUCUCUUUAAAAAAUGUUUUUGUGUGUUUGAUUGAUUUUAAGUUUUGGAAAAUGGUUUUGAAGAAGAGAAAGAGGCCGUAAAGGCAUGAGAGAAAAAAAUGGUGAAAGGUUGGUUCAAUUAUUAUUAAAAAAGGUCUAAGUUGGAAUUAGAGUUCAUUUGAGUUUGAUUAAGAAAAUAAAGGGAAAAUUCAAUGGAGUUUUGACUCCAAGGUUUAUUUGGAAAUUUUUUUCAAGUGAUGGAAUUUGCUUAUUUUGGAAAAUUGAUAUUUUUCUAAGUAUCGCGUUUCCUAAGCAUACAUCUAAAGCGGUAAACAUACAACGUGUGUGCGUGUCGGUGCUUGUGUCGGUGUACAUCAUUAGAGAGUCCAUUGUCCGUUACAUUGGCCCUAGUUUACAUUCUAUGGUCUUGCAAGAAAUUAAAAGGAAAUUUAAACUACCUAAAAUAUUAUAUGACAUUUUAACAUAGAAAUUAAAAGGUAAAAAUGCCUAAACUAUGAGAAAUUGAGAUGAAAAAGGUAGAAUGCUUAUGAGGUGAAUGAAACAAGAAAUAAAAUGGUUAGUAAAAUAAGGUGUAAAAUGAUAGGAAACAAGCAAGGAAACAUUGAAUGGAAUAGCAAAAAAGAGAGUAAUAAAGUGGUAAAAUAUGCCCAAAACUUGUCAUAAUACCUAAACAUGUACACGACCUAUAAUUCUCUCAUCAUAGCAAUUUAAAAGGGGGUUUAUUUUAUACCAUAAUGUGAGAAUGACAAGAACACAUUCAAGCCAAGAAUUAUGACAUAUUUCUAGAGAUACUUUGCACUUUAUUUCUUGACAAAAACACACAUUACUUGCAAAACAAGAAAAAAAGAAAAAUUCACAUCCACAAACAGUAAAACACACAUAUGAUCAGAGACAUAUUCAUCAUGAAAUUGCAUAUUAACCACUCAUAUCAUGUCAAGACCUCAUGAACGAAUUAUGGCAAGAAAAUUCACAAGUUUAAUAAAAAAAAAUGAACAUAUCAACAAGAAAAUGUUACAUAUAUUUUUUUAUCAUUUUUUAACAUGUAAAAGCAUCACAAAAGUAUUAAAAAUACCUCAAGAAACAUAUAGGAAUUUUUAGGAAUUUUUUGCACGAAAAUUGGACGAGCAGGGGGUUCAGAUAGCAAGAAACAGGGUGCAAAUAGCAAGAAAUAAGAAAAAAAAAGCAGAAACAAACAAACUGGAAGCCCAAGCCCAAAACCCAUGGAUCCGGAUGCACAAGGAGCGUUGGAUUGAUCCAGGAAGAGAAACCCUAGAUCUAAAGGCUCAGAAUGAAGGGGAAGAACCGGGAAUAAACCCGACCGGUUCAGUUGUUUAUAAAAAGGCUUGGGGACCGGUUUUUUUCAUUUCUUCCUCUCCUUUCUCUCUCUUCUCUCAUUCUAGUGAGAGAAGCUCUCACUUCUCUCCUUUCUGAUGAAUUAGGUUCUGGAAAAGUUAGGGUUUUCUGAAUGUUCUUGGUAAUUUUCUGUUUUGAUCUAACUAAAUGGAGAGAGAAAAUGUGAUUCUGUUUUUGGUGAUGUGACUGAUUCUGUGGAUCCUUUCUGAUUUGUGCAGUGAAUGCACCUUUUAUAGGCUGCCAUGUGUGAUUCUGAACCAAUGGAAGAGGAACACCUGUUUUGGACUUAGGGACUUUCCUGCAAAAAUAAGAAAAUUGGAGGACUGGACUGCAAAUAAGAAAAAGGACCUAAAAAUGCAAUUUUAAAAAGUAUUGGACUAAAAUGUAAUUUGGAAAAAACGUAAAGUGAAACCAAAAAUAAAAUCAACAAAAGGACUAAAAUGAACCAGUUACAAAAAAUGAGGUAUUUUAAAAUACCUCUCUGUCGAAAUUUUGACAGGAAAAGACCAAAAAUACCCCUAGGGACUAAACUGACUCAAACUGACUCAGAUGCAAUUUUUGAAAUGGUUUUUAAACAGAGAUUCAACAAUGAUUUGUACAGACAAGUUGAAAAGACUCAGAGGCAAACACAGGGACUAAAAUGGGUUCCAAUGCGGGAAAUGACCAAAAUACCCUUUUUGUAUGAUUUUUUGAAAUAAAAUGCAAGAAAAGCAAUGCAAUGAUUCAGAGAGUUUUCAAAUGACUUGUAAUGCAAGAAAGACACUUUGGGUAGUUUUAUUCAAGAAAAUCAUGAUUGAACAUACUUCGAGACAGAGACAGUAAAAUAUGCAGAUGAAAAGAGAGUAAAGGUUCGGAGUAAAAUAAUAGUAAAUUGACAAAUAUCAGUGUUGAAAAAGAAAUUUGAAUGAGUAUUUUUAGGUCCAAAAUCAGGGUAUAACAAUAUCCAAAAAAGCAUAAACUAAACAAGUCCAAAAAGCAUAAUUUAAACAAGCAUCAAUGCUUUGGAAAUCCUGAAGUUGGGUAUAAACUCCAUGUAUUGGGGUUGAGUAGAAGCGGAUGACCCGUAAUUUGGAUUUGGAACUCUAAUAACUCUAGGAGUAGUUAGAUUUUGUGGAGCAAGACCCCUCAAUGAUGUUUGUUUAUGCAUGUCAUUUGAAAUCACAGGUCAUCUCAUGCCAUAUCUUCUUGUACUCAUUCUCUGCAAAUAAAAUCAAUCAUAUCCGUCCUUAAAUUAUAACAAAAUCCAUCAAAUUAGUCCUCAAAUUAUGUCAGUAAGUCUCAAAUCGAUCCUUAUGUAAUAGCGGGGUAUAAUUGGAACACAUGAAAAAUUACACUGAAAAGUUAAAUCUCAAAUUUUUACCAUUUCCAUCAAAUUAGUCCUUGUACACGUGGUUGCCUUGUUGACACGUGUACAUGACAACACAACAUGCAAGAGGACACGUCAUCACCACUAACGGAGCUUUUGGACGGAGGGACCAUUUUGAUGGACGUCUGUAAAAUUCAAGGACUAAAUAGAUAUUUCGCAAAAUUGAGAGACGAAUUUGACCAAUUUUUUAAAAUUCAAGGACGAAAUUGAGGUAUCAGUCCAUUCAAUGUUAUACAAAAGUCUGAAAAAUAAAACACACAACACACGCGUUCCUUUUUCCCAGUGUUUUCUUCUUCUUCUUCCUCUUAUCAUCAUCACCACCGCCAACCCUCUCCCUCAAUCCACCGACGUUCUACCCCGUAUGUUCCAUGUCUUUUCUACUUUAACCGUCAUAUUUCUCCUCUCAUACUUCGCCGUCGUCGAUUCCACUGCCACUUUCUUUCCAUCGCCACGGGAAUAAUGAGAUUAAGCGCGAGAGUGAUCGACCUAAACUUAUUCCCUCUCUCCAGGUACUCAAUCUGUUAACUUUGAUGUUAGUUCAUACAAAUUUGCAUGUAACAAAUUUGUAUAAGAACAGGCAUAGACUUCUUAACCAAUCAAAUAAACUGCUCAAUCAAAGCUUACUCAAUUUUAUUGUAAAAGAAGAAAUAGAAAAUUUAGGUGGUUUGAAAUGUAAGAUCCAACAUAUGUUAGAUAUGAAAUUACUGUUGUGCUUUGAUGAUUUUUUCUCCUGAUUCCAAAAAUAUAGUUUUAAGCCAAUUUAUGGCAUUGAGUGAUUUGAUUUUCUGUUUCUUUUUUGUCUCAUUGGUUCUAAGUUGGAUGAGAAAUUAGUGGCCACAGAAAGAAGAAUGAAAUAUAAGUUAAUUAACAUUUUUUCAAUAACUUUGAAUUUUUGCUGAUUUUUCUUUAACUAUUGUUUUCUAAUACCAUUUGAAGUAGUCGUUUUUAUUAGAUUAUGUCAUUGCUACAAAAUUUUCUCUAUAUGGGUUCAUGUUGAUUUUGAAAUGAUUGCAAAUUUGUGUAUAAGCAUCUGUAUGCAAACCUCUCUUUUAAGAGCACUAUUUUUUGUUCCGGCUUUGUGUUUUUUGCGGAUGUGCUUAUGAUUUGUGCAGCUACAGGUUUGUUACUUACAGAGCUUUCCAAAUGUGGUAUGUUGCUUUGUUCAUUUAGUGGUUGAGAAUGAAAUUAGUUUGCACUCCCUGAGAAAAUAGCUCUCUAAACUGAAGUUCCCAUAAUCUCUUAUGAUCAUUGUACACACCAAAUCUCUUACCCUAAGUCAAAUUUACUGUACUGAGUAGAAAUUAUCUAUUCUUUCAUUAAUAUUGAAAAAUCUUUCAUCCCUUCAACAUUGUUUCUGAGUAUGAUGUUACCAGUGAAUUUUUGGUAUGUUCCUUACCAAUUCACAUUUUUUAUUGUUACUUUUAUUGGACAAAAUUACUUCUUGCGUCUAUUCUUCCCUGAUUCAUAGAAGUUGUUCUACAAUGGUUUUUGUGAAUUUGCAUUGGAUAAGAGGACCACGGCCAUGGUGGUCAUAGCACAAUUGCGACAACAAGUGGAAUUGCACUCUUAUUUUUGGAUCUAUGUCAUACAAUCAUAAUUGGUGGUGGUGAGUGGAAGAGCAUGAUUGAGUGCAGAAUUUUUGAAGGUGUACGUUUCAAGCUGGGUGAUCAGAUGGUCGGCAAAAGUGAAAUUGUUUACCUUCAUGUCUAUCGAGAUUUCAGUUUUUAAGCUGGGGUCUUCAUAUGAAUUUCCAUUUUGAAUAUUGUUUCUAUUGUAAUCUGCCAAUUAUCAGAAUUGUGUUAGAUAAGUUUGAGUCUAAUGUGUUCAGCUCCACUGUGUAAUCUGUUUCUGUAUUUCAUUUUCAAUAGAAUCCAAUUAAAACAACUUAUUCUGCUUGCUUAAUUAUCAUCUCCAAUCUGCACAAGUAAUACUAUAAACAGGGUCAUAUUAUUCUAUUGAAAUUGAAAUACGGAAACAUAUUACAAAGAAAAUGACUAAAGGCGGUGUAUAAAGAAGUUUUUCGCAAUUUAUGAAUUGUUCGGUGCUGAUGAAAUAAAGGUGUUGCCGUUUUGUUAGUCUGCCAUCGAUGUAAGUAUGUACUGUAUUUAUAUUAGUCGUUAAUAAAUGUCUUAAUAAUGGUCGUCAAACCUAACCCAUCAGUGUGUUGCUUAAUUUGUUUUUACAGAUUUGUUUGACCUGACUGUAGCAUUUGCCAUCAUAUCUGAAACGCAUAAAUUCAUGUUUUACUGUAUACUCGGUGAUCAAUCCUUCUGUCUAUAUGAAAAGGCUUGAUGUAUACUGGUACGGUGAUUAAAUUUUCGCAUAAAUCAGUUCUUCUCAUAUUAUAAAUAACUUAUAAUAAGGAUUGCAGCAACUAAUGCUUCAAUUUUAUGCUGUCUUUGUUUUUCUUCGCAGGUUGAGCACAAUUAAGGCAUUGCAUUUUUGGAGAUCGUUAUCAUUGUUAUACCAUUAUUAUCUUUGCUAAUAUAUGCUCCUAAUUGUUUAAGAAUUUCAUCUCUGGUCCAUACUGACGGUUUAUUACUGAUAUCAAUGGCACCAAUCUCAAUUGAUACUAUGUAUCACAUUAUCACCAACAAAGGUGUAACUUGGUUAUCAUUAUGAUCCAUUUCUGAUUCCGUAAUUAUACUAUAUCCAAGUUCGUUGUUAACUUAUUACAAAUAAUUUGUCGUUUAGAAGAAUAUUAACCACAAAUUACUCAUAGUGAUUUAUCGUUAUGAAAAUACAUAUAGAGAAUAUGAAAAUUUACGUAGUAUAUUGACUGAGCCUCAAUUUAUUUUGAAUUUUUCACCGAAACACAUAAAAUCACAAUAUUUUUGCAACUUCACAUCCGAAAAAGUUAUAUAGACGUUGAAUUUUUUCGUUAUUUUUUGCACAUAUGUUAAGGACAUAAAAAAACAUUUCCCACAAAAAAUUAGAAUUUUCCGACAACGGAUGGAUUAAUUAUGAAUUUUUAAUGCGCCAAAAACUCAAGAAACUAAAACAUCAAAAGAUCGACUUAGAAAUUGAAUUUUGAGUUGGUUUUUUGCACACAACUCUAUAAAAAUACAUAUAGAGGGUCUGUAAAUUUUCAUGGAAUUCCAAAUAAGCUUCAAUUUAUUUUGAUUUUUCGACCGAAACGCGUAAAAUCACAAUUGAUUCUCUUCCAGAAACUGCACUUAAGUGCAACAAAAUCAGCUGUAGUUAACUGCAACUGAAGCCAGCGGUAGUUAACUACAGCUGAGAGUCAGCAGUAGUUAACUACCGUUGGGGGAAAUUUCAUAACUUAAAUGUGUUUUUAGGAAUUUUUUGAUGUGAGAAAAACAAUUUUCAAAAGUAUAUGUUUUUUAAAAUAAAAGAGGGCAUAAGACCAUAAAAGGCACUGAUACGAUGACCUUUAACACCAGUUUGAUCAACUAAGACCAACCACAAUGGUGAGGUCUUAACAAUUUAAGAUCCGGUACCUAUUAGGUACCUCCAUUGUGGGAAAAAUAUUUGGGGGUCUCUUAAGACCCUCAUUUUUAAGUGGACCCCACACAACUUUUUAAUAAAAUAAUCAUUGUUUAGUUACUUUUGUUUAAAUGUAAAUGAUAAAGAGUUAUUGGUGGGUCCCAUUUAGACCUUUUGUUAGAGCGUCUCUGUUGGAGUGGUUGAGUACCUAUUAGGUACUAUCAUUAAAAAAUUAUAAAAAAAUGAUUUGUCAAUGUGGAAUCCGUUUAAGACCUCAAGAUUGAGGAUCUCCAUUGUAGAUCACAUGCAUGUCUAUUGCAUGAGUGCAUCUUCCAAAGAUUCAAAGUCUUCAUUUACAUGAAAUUUUCAUUCAGCUUUCAACAUUCAUAAGCACUUAAUGAAUUAACGACCAAUAUAUUGGAUGCAUGUUGUUUUGAAUAUGCCCUUAAUAAAGAUGAAAAGGAGAAAGAUGAACUUGAACUCAUCAUUUUUACAGCCGUUAAAAUAGCAUACAUGAUUUGCUUUUGCUACUUGUCUAAAUUUUAUCUAAACACCUAAUUAUGAUGGUUGCCAAACACAUUCAAACAUUUAUGUUAGUAACAAUUUUAUAAGCAUGGCAUUUUUAGGGUUGUAUGGCCCAAAAGUCCUAAACCAAAUGGCUUUCACCAUUUCUCAUGCGUCCUCCUAAAUUUCAAAACUGCCCUCAGAUUUUCGGAUUAUACAAUAUGCUACUCUUAUUUUCAACUCUUCCUUUGAGGUCCAACUCGAUUAGUCUCUUCAGUGGUUCAGUUGUGAUUUUUCCUCUUAAGUCCAACUAGAUUAGUCUCUUUAGCGGUCCAGUUAUAAAGUCGAUUUGUGACAAUACCUUAUAUGCAUCUAUGUUAGGAUUGAUACGAGCUGUUAGUAGGUUCUGAUACCAUGUUGGAUGGAGGAAUGUUUUACAUAUUGAGCUUUAGUUGUUUCAAGGGGCACUCAACAUGGAAAGGAUAUUGAAGCUUUGCAGAAAAGUUUGGACAAUGCUGAGUAAGGUUCAUAUACAAACAUGUCUAAUUUUCUAACAUAAUUACAUUUUAAGAGUGAUUUUCAAAUCAACUAAUAUUUAACAUUAUGGUUCUAAAGUUGGUGAACUAUGACAUAAAACUUUAACAUUGUUUGUGGUUUCUAGAAGAAUCAAUUUGGUUACAUAACAUGAAAAAUGGUUACCAUAAGACAAGGAGAAAGAAUAAGCAUGUAUCUUUACACUCGCAACAAAGAAACACACCAACUUUGGCCAUUGCAGAAGAUUAUGGUUAGACUCAGACAGUCAAAUAUAGGUUUGACGCCAUCGAAGUAAUCGGCAUUUCAACCUUAGGUUGUGUUUCAGAGUUUUGAAGAGAUUAUCAGAAUUCUAUUCACUUUGUUUUCUUGUCAAAUCUUAAUUGUUAGUGCUAAUUGAUGGUCUUAUCAUGAAAAUUAUAAAUCAAACCUAAAUAAAAACGAAUAAUAAGAACAUGUUCAUGUACCGAACUGAUAAGUAGCAAGAAAGUGAAAUAAAGAAAACACAAUGAUCUAAACUUAUCAUUGAAAAACAUCACAGAAAACACAAUGUUUGUUUCUUCAUUUUAAUUCUAACGAAUGUCUAAUUUUGGAAUGUGUGCUAUCUUAUCCCAGUCCACCCUUGUUCCCUCCUUGCAUCGCUCAUCUAAUCCUCCAGAAAAACAUAAUUAAUCAGCAAGAGUAUCAUGCAAAACCCCAAAACAGUUAAAAAGGUGCACAUGCACUUAACAAACUCAUCAUCAUUUUCUCUUCCAUAAUUCCCUUCCUUGUUUGUACCACUUUGUCCUUGAAAGAAUUCACAAUUACCUUUGCUAACUGAAUUAUUGCUUAUUGUGAAAAACAAAAAUAUCUCAAAGUUAUCUUAUGUGAACCAAAUACAAAACCAGUAAUUAAUAAUAUCAUAACAACAACAAAUUACAAAUUUGAUGUAUCAUUUUAAACUGAGUGAAAAACAUGAAAAAACAAAAGUCAUUGAAAGAGACAGAAAAUUUAUAUGCUAAAAGGGCAUUAUAAGGCUCUAAGACAGAUUUUAGAUGUCUGUUUUUCUCUCCCAUUGCUGCUCCAACUCUCUGCAGAAGUAUAUUACUGGAAGACAGAAGACAAACUAACAUGUGCUGCAAAACCACCAUAGUGAAGAGACAAGAGUGUCAUAUCCUGCAAACACAGUACAAAAUAUUGUUACUAUACUAUAAGAAACAAAAUCAAAAAAGGGUGAUGGUGGAAGAGAGAGCCUACCAAAUGUGAUAGAAAUUGGAAGCAUAUAUGUGUGUGCUUUUUCAUUCAAUCAACAUGUAAUUUUGGAAUGUGCGCUAUCUUGUCCCAGUCCUCACCGGUUCCUUUCUUCAAUCGCUCCUUUAAUGUUGGGCAACCUCGAAUUUUCAAAAACUCAAGUGAAGUGAGGUGUUGAAUAGAUUCGGGAAAGGAUCUCAAUCCUCCACAAUAACCAAUAUCAAUAGUUCGAAGAGAUCGAAGACCUUCCCAUGUUUGUUCCGGUAUAGACUCAAGCUCACCACAAGAAGAGAUACUCAGACACUCCAACACUAGGUUGAAGGGUUCAUUUGGUAGUUUCUUCAAUUUUGGGAAAUUAGAAAUUUUCAAACUUCGAAGACAAGUCAAGUUUCUUAACAAACCGUCAGGAAAGCAAAUCACGUCUUCACCGUUAAGAAGGUGAAGGGUGGUAAGACUACAGAAAUUGGAGAUUGAUCUCAGUAACUCAUUGUUACAUCCAAAUACAAUGAGGUCUUUAAGGGAUGGAAGGCAUGGCAACACAAGUUUAGGGCAAUCAAUAAUGGUCAAAUUAGAAAGAAGAAGGAACAUAUCUCUUAUUUGCACUUUCAACAAACGCUCUAAGUUUCGUAGUCCUGCUAGUAACAAUUUUUCCAAGGAUGGAAAAGCCCUCACCUCUACACCAUCAUGAUAUUCAGCAUCAUCCAUGUAUUGCAUAUUAUUCAUACCCCAUAAUUCAAGCUUUUUUAGAGAUGGUAGUUUACCUAGUGAUGAAAGAACACAAUUAUUGCAAUACUGAAGUUGAAGAUCAACUAAACUAUUAAGAAAUCCAAUCCAUUUUGGCAAGCAUAAUCCGUCAUAGUAAAGUAUUUUCAACCUCUUGAGAUUUGAGUGAGGUUGAAGCAUUUCAAGUACUUGCUCAGCAGUAGUAGUUGGUGUCUCAGUUUCACCAUUAUUCCUCCAUGACAAGGAUAAUUCUUGGAGGUCCUUUUUACCCAUCAAAUUGGCAUGUCGAGCUUCAAAUAAGCUACCAACAUUUCCCAGACCUUGUAUGCUCAGUUUUCCUCCAAGUGAUAGAUCAUGUAGCUCUCCCAAGCCAUACCCCCUCUCUGACUGAACAAUGUAUACACUUAAUGUUCUUAGGAAAUACAAUUUUCCAAUAUAAGGAAACACACAAGACAAUGAAUUACAAUCUUCAAUGACAAGAUGCCUGAGAUUCUGUAAACAAGUCAAGUGUUUUGGUAGAAAAGUCAGUUUUCGAAAAUAUUUCAAUUUCAAGAUUUCCAAUUUCUGCAAGCGAUAAAUUGAGUCAGGAAGGGUUUCUACGUCAAGAUCACGAAGCUCCAAAUACCUCAAAUGAAUUAAGUUCCCAAGUGACGAUAACUUGAAAGUGUUUGUGCUUAAAACUCGAAGGGAGCGAUUUGUUGGGAAGUAAUCGUAUUCUUUUUCGCUGUAAAACUCUAGUUGAUACAACGUUCGCAAGGAUUCAACUUUUUUGAAGGCCUCAUUGAAGGAAAACAAGUUAAUAUCAGAGUAAAAGCUAGUAUGGUGUGUGCUUCUUAACAAGUUAGUGUUAGUAUUCUCCAAAAUCAUACACUCUGACCCCAUAACUGAUUGAGCAAGAUCAUGCACUAGGUCAUGCAUCUUGAAAGUAAUGUCUCCUGAAUAAUCAUCUAUCUUGAUGUCUUGGAAGAAUGAUUUUUGGCACAGUUCCUUCCAAAUCAUAUUGCCAAAAAAUUCUACAUCCAAAUUAGCCUUUGAGAAAAUAAAUCCAUUGCCCAUCCAUAGAUGAAUCAAAUCUUCCUUUACAAUUUCCAUAUCUUUGGGAAAUAUCGCACAAAAAGCAAAACACCGCUUUAAGGUCGGUGUUAAAUGAAAGUAGCUUAACCUCAAGGCUGGCAAAAUGGAAUUCUCAUAUGGUAAGGUCCAGAGAUUACUGUCUUUAAUUUCAAGCCAUUCAUUUUCAUCACUCCUUGAGCGCAUUAGACCUCCCAAUGCUUGUGCUGCAAGAGGCAAUCCUCCACACUUCUUUACUAUCGCCUUACCUAUUGCUACAAGCUCUUCCCGUUCUUCUCCAGCACAUCCAAAUGCAUAUUGUCUAAACAACAACCAACAUUCGUUUUCAGAGAGACCAGAUAAAUGAUGAGCUAAACAUGUUCCCAUGAUUUCUGCAACAUCCUUAUCACGAGUGGAAACUAAAAUGGAAGAUCCUUUGGAUCCACAUGACAACGCAGAUUUCAACUUGUUCCAUUUGUCUUGGCUUAAUCCUAGUUCCAAUCCUUGAUUUCUGCUCCAUACAUCAUCCAAAACCAGCAAAAAUCUUUUACCUUGCAAUAGUUCUCGUGCUUUUCUUUGUAUUACAUCUAAAUCCAAGGCAUCAAACUUGUCUUUUGUGAUAGAUUCUAUAAUGGAACACAAAAUCCUUUUGACAGAGAAAGUCUCCGAAACACAAAUCCAAACUUUUGUAUUAAAAUUGCUACUUACCCUAUGAUCAUUGUAGACCAUUUGAGCAAGUGUUGUUUUACCAACACCACCUAGGCCAACAAUAGGAUAGAUGGAUAGGAAGUCAGAUACUUGCGCUUGGGUGAGAAGAAACUCGACAAUCCUCUCUCUAUCAUCUACUCGUCCAAACACUUUGGGUUCAGCAAUAAUGGAGCUUGUUUGGCGCCAUUCAGCAACUUCAUUUGGCCUUUCCCUAACAACGACACCCUCUCGUAAAAGAAACUUGUCUUUACUUUCAGCAAUUUGAUCGAAUCUCCUUGUAAUUUCUUUCAACCUUUUGCCGAUGUCACGGCGAAACACAAUGUUCUUUAGGUUGAAACAGGACGAGGCUUUAAGUCUACUAGAUUCAAUGGAACAUUCAUCAAGAAUAUCAUCAAGCACAUAUACAGCAUCUUUGAGUUGUUGGAGCCAUACCUUAAUAGAGCGGUCUGUGACCUGUUUCUGCUCAGCAUCUUCAAGAACAGCCUUGAUCAGAUCCAAGGUGGUUGACAACUUUUCAGCCUUUGAUGUGAUUCCAGAAAUGGUUGCAAAUUCAUUUUGAACAAGAGAUAACAAAUUCUCAAAUACAACUCCUAGCAAGGCCUCUGCCAUUUUUAGUUAGUACUAGGAAUAUCGGCUGUUAGGUGAUCAGUUGGAAAUUAUGAAGGAAAAUAAAACAAAAUGCAGAUUUGAUUCAAUUUAGAGCAACAUCCACUAAGCACUGGGGUGAUAGUGCUAGGACCCACACUUUAAAUUUAAUGUCAUUAUUAUGGAUCCAUUGUUGACUUUUGUUUCUUUUUUUUUUUCCUACCAUUUCAUACAGAAAUAAAAAACAGUCAUAUAAUCUAUCUUGGCUAUUUCUCAAAACGUAAAGUUCUUACUUGCCCUUUGAAAGAACAAGCAAGCCAAAUCUCCAUAUAAAAGUCUAUAAAUAAAUUUGAUUCCAAUGAAGAAAAGUUCUGAAGGGUUAAAAAAGAAAAAUAUAAAAUUAUCUACAAAAACAGAUACACUAUUUGAAGGAAAUUUUCAUAUUUUUAGUCAAUAGGAAUCGAACUCGGUACCAAGUGGUUUAUAACAGUCAAUAGCGUGCAUGACAUAUCAAUGAGUUUUUCAUCAGAGCAUAAUUUUUAGCUAUGAAGAAUAUUACAAUAACAUGAAAACAUUUUGACUGCAACGAUACCUUGCUUAUGUGAUACUCUAUUAUCAUAGGCAUAAAAGAAUUAACUUCGAAAAAUUUUCUUAAAUUUCAUUAAACUGGCUUUCAUGUAUUUGGCCUUUAGGAAACAUAAUUAAAUUUGGUAUUAACCCUACACAAGAGAAGUGUAACCAUAUAUAUUUGUUGAGUUUUACAAGUUAAUGUAUGUGUUUAAAUGAAUGUUAAUUGGACGGAAAUACAGCGCACGAGUAUCAUGUAUAAUUAAGUACAACAUUGGUUCUCAAAUUUUGCUUGCAAUCUGGAAUUUUUACCAGAUAAUUGAAGCGAAAAAUAAAGUAAAAGAACAGAAUAAUAUGCACAAAAAAGUACUGUUUUUUUUACUUCAAUUAAAAAUUAAUUAUAAUGUGCAAAAAACUUAAAUCAGUUUAGAGAGGGGAAAUUAGAGAGGUUGGUAUGGUAACAUAGAAAGCGUAAAACUAGACCUAAUCAUGUUAAUUAAAUAAAAAAUUAAAUAAAAAAUCUUCUGCUGCUUAAGUAAAAAAUUAAGCAAGACUGGAGUAUCAUAUAAAACCCAAAACAAGAACAUUGUAUGACCAAUGUUUCUACUUUCCUUGUACUAGACAAGUCCAAUGAACUUUGUUUAUUGUUUUUGGUAAGACUUGCUGAACUUUGUUGAUUUCAUGAUGAUUAUGAUUGGCAUCUGGCAAAUAAGACUUCUGAUUUUAACUAGUUGCAAAGCUUCAUACUCAUUCUGAUAGAUUGUUUCCUGAAAUUUGUUUCUGGUCUGAUAGCUAUCCGUCAAUAUUUACCUCCAACCUGGGAACGAAUCUACCACAUUGUCUUUAAUUUGAAAGAGCUAUGCUAAUUGAACUAUUGUGAAGAAUAAAUAUAUAAAGGCAUAAUAAGGCUCUAAGAAAGAUUCUGAAGUCUGCCUCCUAUCCACAAGCUACUACAACUCACAGCAGAAGUGUCACUAUUUACAUCACUGCAUUACCUUUUUGAUUGAUUUUAAUAUUACAACAGACGACUGAGAUGAUUUAAGUUAGCAUAGCUCUCAAGAUGAGAAAAACCACAAAAAUUGUGCAUAACCAUGUAUUCUUUGGUACAAUCGUUCAAUUAAUAAGUAUUUCAGAGAUUUGAGAGAUUGAGAAUUCUAUUAACUUUGUUUUAUGUCAGAUCCUAAUUAUUGUCAUGAAUUAUUCAUAGCAAGUUCAUUUACUGAACAGAUAAGAAACAAGAAUUUGAAAUAAAAUAAGGAUGAGUUCUUAAAUAUAUUUGGUAAAAACUAAAUUGUGAAGGUAAUCAAUAUUAUAAAUCCUUAAGAUGAAGUCCUUUCUUAAGGAUCAUUCAUGUGUGCUGAUGAUAAUGAACUCAAGUUGGCUGAGACUUCAUCUGUUGCUUUUUUUUUCGGACAACUGUUGCACCGGACUAUUCAUUACUCCUCAAGUCCUCUGUGGUGUGUUUGUGUUGCUUAGUGGGUGGUUACAUAUAUGGUAUAUAUUUCUCUACCCCCUUCCAUUUACUAUAUUUUGCUACCCCAAGUUAUUCACAUCAUUGAUAAUUUGUGCCUUGUUUAUUGAAUUCUUUGUGUGGUUACAUUUCUGUUGACAAGUGAAUUUUAUAAAUGACAAAAAUCACGUAGUCACUGAUUUUAGCUUCCAUAAGGCAAUAAUUUGAUCAAGUAUGAAUUCAAAAAAGCAUUUAUCCCUUUUAAAUAAAUAAUGUAUGUACACUGUUUGGAAUAACCAAGACACAAAAUGUCUGAUUAUAAGCUCACUAACAAAAAACUACACUAGAGAAAUGGGAAAGAGAUUAAUAUAAAGAAUCACUUAUGUUAGCAACAUUAGUACUAGUAGAUAUUGUAAAAUCAAGGACAACCUCCUAAGGCUUAGGAGAAGCUAUAUAUAACUCUUUCAACAUCUGUUAUUAGUUGGAAUUAAGUUCGGCUCAUGUGUUGGAUCACCGCUGUCAACAUCCUCUCGUUUCAUGCCAACCAUAUCAAUUUUUCUCAUUAUUUGUGAUUUCCAUUGCUUCAUUUGAUGGACUAAUAGAUUUUUCACUGCUUUCUUUGGAGAUUGAUUUUUCAGGCCAAAAUACAUUCAAUCCAUUACCUGUAUGUAUGACCAAAAUACAUUCAAUUCCUUUAUCAAAUCUUACCAUACAUCUAAAUAUGUUUGGUGAAAAAAAUGAUGUGUGAAGGUAAUUAGUAUUAUAAAGUCCUGAAGCAUGCAAUAAAAAGAAAGCCGACUGAAGUUUCUAUAUGUUAAAAUCAAACUGAAAGUUUCUAUAUGUGUGUUAAAAUCAAUCAAUUUGAUAAGGCAGAAAAUGCAUAUUAAAGUAUUCGCUAAGAUAUGAACUAUGUUUACCUGGAAACCAACGAUAACCAGUAAAGAGAUAUCAGUUAAAGGAAAUUGAAAUCUUCAGCAGCAAACAUCACUCCUAAAAUAUGCUCAACAACGUCGCCAAUUCUGGCUAUUGGUGUUUCCCCUGAUCGAACUUGAAACUCCAACUUUCCAUAAAUAUUUCAUACAUGAAGGGACUAUUUCAUAAAUGAAGGAUCAUAACCUGCAUAUUUUCAUGAACACGUGAAAUUAAAUUGAAAUCUAGUAGUAUAUGGAGUUGAACAUCUUAAUACUAUAGGAAUUGAAGAUCUAUACCAUAUCAAUACUAUGAAGGAUCAUAAGGAAGUGGAGACGCCAUAACGAUAAUCUGACCCAUUAGGUUGACAUCUUUAAUUGAUUUCGUCUCAGACAAAAAUCACAAGUUUCACAUAAAUGAAUUCAAAGAUGUCUUCUUCAUUCCAAUAAACAAUUUUUGGAAUAUGUGGUAUCCUGUCACAUUCCUCUCCUGCUCUCUCCUUACACUCCUUUAAUUUUAGGCAACCACGGAUACUCAUAAACUCAAGUGAAGUGAGGUGUCAAAUACCUUCUGGAAAGGAUCUCAAUCCUCGCAUUCAACAAUAUCCAUAGUUCAAAGAGAAAUAAAUGGCUCCUGUUCAGUUUCACAGGAGAUGCUCUCUGUAAGUGAUAUGACUAAUGCUAAUCUACUAAAAUAUAUGGAGUUAAAAGAUGCAAAAUUCACUUUGUUAUCAAAUAAAACAUUUGAUUUCUCAUUCAUAUCAUCCGAAAUUAUCACCUCUUAUAGUUUCUGUGGUUCAGCUGAAGCAUCCUCUUGCUUUCAGGAAAAGCAGUGGUCCGACACAAAUAUGGUUGGGAUUCAGCAGCAUUCCACAACAUAUCUGACACAAACAUAAUGAAAUAACAUGAGUGACUCGACUAGAAUCAUGAAUUACAAUGUCACCUUCCUAAUAAAGAGCUGUAUACACACCUGCAGAUUUUCUGUCUUUGGUUGGUAACAAUGACAGACACAUGGCAUCAUUUCUCACAAUAUUUACCAACACACGAGAAUUAUAAUAUGCAUUGGUUGUGACAAAAUGCUCUAGAUUGUUAUUGAUGUCGAUGAUAGUUUUACCCGGAGUAUUAUACACAUGUUGAUCUUGGCUUCCCUCACUCAAAAGAUGUUUUAACAACUAUGUAACAAGUGGUUCCUGCACAUAGAAAUUAAACUAAGACAAUAAUAUUGUUAUAAUGAUGUAAAAGAGACAAAGAAGCUUUAAAAAAUUGUUCCGACUAGAAAUUACACUCAGCCAUCAAAUUGAAACAUGCAAUUAUAGAUUUCAAUACCACAAAUAAAAAAAGGGAUAUUCAGAAACGUCAAAUAAGGAAACCAUAGUCAAGAGACAUGAGAGGCAUAUCCUGCAAAUAGAGUACCAAGAGAUUGUUAUGAAACACAGUCAAAAGAAAUAAAGAUGGAGGCAGAAACACCAACAUCUCUGUUUUUUGAUUCCUGUUGAAAUCAGUAGCAGAAACAUCACCUGCCAAAGAGUGAGCCAAACAAUAUAUAUUAUUCAAAUAAACAAUCUAAAACAAAUAAAUAAGAAUGACCAAUAAAAACUUAAGAAUAAAAAUCGAGAAAACCUUGACACCGAUCAGACUUUGCUAAUGGGUACGGAGCUCUGACCCAUUGUCACUUCCUCCACUCCAAAAGACUGCGUCUUCGUCAUUGGGUAUGUUUGUUCCAUUAAUCCCGUUAUUUGUCUUGUGUGUCGACGCCAAUCCUAACCAUUCAAUUAAAUCCCCACAAAAUCAGUAAAAUUAAAAAAAAAAAUCCAAAAUUCAAAUUAAAAAAAAUUAAACUAUGAUGAAGAAAAUGACCUGAAUUAGAACAUUUGUAACUUUAGUUGAGCAGUGAAAUAUCUUUCAUGUAGUCUGGAUCUCUUCCUGCGGAAUGGGUUCCAAAUAAGUCAACAACGAGAAUAAAAAUAAAGAUUUUUGAGCAGUUGAAAUCCAAACAUAAGAAGGGGAAAUUGAGAUCUUACCAGUAAAAUUGAUUUUUGCGAUGUUGAUUGUGGCAGAUAAGGGUAAACGUCUCUGCUUCUUAAUCCUCGGUAAACUGUAUUUUUGGAAUAUGAGCUAUCUUGUCCCAAUCCUCCCAUGUUCCCUCUUUGCAUCGUUCCUCUAAUGUUGGGCAUUCCCAAAUUGUCAGAACCUCAAGAGAAGUGAGGUGUCGAAUACCCUCCGGCAAGCAUCGCAAUCCUUUACAGCUAUAAAUCUGUAGAUUUCGAAGGGAAGUGAGGUGUCGAAUACCCUCCGGCAAGCAUCUCAAUCCUCUACAACUCGAAAUGUGUAGAGCUCGAAGGGAUUGAAGACCUUCCCAAUUUUGCUCUGGUAAGGACUCCAAUUGUGGGAACCAAUCUACUUCCAGAUAUUGAAGACAAGUAAGGUUUUUGAACAUCCCCUCUGGGAAGGAUGUUAUUCCUUCACCCUCCAUUAGGGUAAGCUGAGUAAGACCACGGAAGGUAGAGAUUGACCUCAGUAACUCAUUGUUACAUCCAUCCACAUAGAGGCCUUCAAGAGAUGGAAGAGAUGGCAGUCCAAGUUUAUGGCAAUAUGAGAUUUCCAAGUAAGAAAGACAAGGAAACAUCUCCCCUCUUUCCACUUUCAAUAACCCCUCUAUGUUUCGUAGGUAUCGUAAAUGGAGAUCCAUCAGAGAUCGGAAAACCAUCACCUCCACACCAUCCUGAGAUUCAUCAUCAUCCAAGUAUUUCAGAUUAUCCAUAUAAGAUAAUUCCAGUUUUUUUAGAGAUGGUAGUUUACCAAGUAACGGAAGCCGCACAAUUUUGUUGCAAUUCCGAAGUUCAAGAGAAAUUAAAUUACUAAGAAGGCUUAUCCAACUUGGUAACGAUAACCCUUCAUUGUAAUUUAUUGUCAAGCAUUUGAGAUUUGAGUGAGGUUGAAGCUCUUCAAGUACUUGCUCAGCACUAAUUAUAGAUUCCUGUUGGGAUAUCCAUGACAAGCAUAAUUCAUGAAGGUCUUUUUUACCCAUCAAAUUAGCCGCUUCAGCUUCAGAUAACCUGCCAACAUUGUUUAAUCCUUGGAUAUGCAGUUUUCCACCGAGGUUUAGAUCACGUAACUCUGUCAAGCUAUUCCCUUUCUCUACACUAACAAUGUACACACUUAAUGUUCUUAGACAAGUUAAUUUUCCAAUGUUAGGAAACAUUUGAGACAAAGACCGACAUUCUUCAAUGACUAUAUGCCUAAGAUUUUGUAAGCAAGCCAAGCGUUUUGGGAGACAACUCAGAUUACGACAGUCUUUUAUUUUCAAGAUUUCCAGUUUUUGUAAGUUGUAAAUUGAGUUAGGCAACUUUUCUAUGUCAAGAUAAAUAAGUUCCAAAUACCUUAAAUGAAUUAAACUCCAUAUUGGGAUCUGCAGAGAAAAUGUUCUUAAAACACGGAGAGAACUGCUUAAUGGGAAGUGAUCAUAUUUUGUUGUAAUAAAAUAAUAUUUCUUCAAGUCAAACAAUGUUCGCAAGGAUUCAACUUUUUUGAAAGCAUUUUCAUCGAAGGAUAAAAAUUUCUUGCUGUUAAAACCAAUGUGGUGUGUGCUUUUUGACAAAUUAGUCGUGUUUUUAUUCUCCAAACACGUACAUUCUUGCCCCAUUACUGAUUGAGCGAGAUCAUGGACAAGAUCAUGCAUCUUGAAAGAAAUGUCUCCAGAAUAUUCAUCCAUCUUGCUAUCUUGAAAGAACGAUUUUCUGUACAAUUCCUUCCAAACCAUGUUUCCAACAUCUUCAACCUCUAAAUUCCUCUUUGCAAUAAAUCCAUUAGCCAUCCAAAGCUGAAUCAAUUCUUCCUUCAGGAUUUCUCUAUCUUUGGGAAAUAUAGCACAAAAGGAGAAACAUUGCUUUAGGGUUGGUGUUAAAUAAAAGUAACUCAACCUCAAAGCAGGUAAAAUAGAUUUUUCAUGUGGUAAAUCCCAAAGCUCACUGUCUUUAAUAUCAAGCCAUUCCUUUUCUUCAUUCAUUGAGACCAUUAAACCCCCCAAUGCUUUUGCUGCAAGAGGCAAUCCAUUACAUUUCUUUACUAUCUCCUUUCCAAUCUCCACAAGCUUUGUAUGCUCUUCUUUGUUACGUCUAAAUGCAUGUUGUUUGAACAACAACCAACAAUCACUAUCUGAGAGACCAGAUAAACGGUGACUUUCCCAUGUCCCCAUGAUUGUUGCAACAUCCUCAUCACGAGUGGACACUAAAAUGGAACUACCUUUUGAUCCACACGACAAAACAGAUUUCAAACGAUUCCAUCUAUCUUGUGUUAACCCAGAUUCCAAUUGUUCAUUUUGAUUCCACACAUCAUCCAAAAUCAGCAAAUAUAUUUUCCGUUGCAACAAUCCUUGCACCUUUCUUUCCAAGACAUCUAACUCAAAGUCAUGACACUUCUCUAAUGUAAUAGAUUCUAUAAUACAACACAAAAUCCUCUUGACCGAGAAAGUCUCAGAAACACAAACCCAAAUUUUUUUAUCAAAAUUGCGACUCACCCUAACAUCAUUGUAGAUCAAUUGAACAAGAGUUGUUUUUCCAAUACCACCUAAACCAACAAUGGGAUAGACAGAAAUGAAGUUAGAGUCCUUCGCAUAGGUGAGAAGAAACUCGACAAUCUUUUCUUUAUCAUCGUCUCUUCCUAAUGCUUUUGAUUCAAGAGGGGUGGAGCUGGUUUGGCGCCCUUCAGCUACUUGAUCUGGGAUUACCCUAAGAGUUUCACCCGUCUGUAGAGAAAACUUGUUCUUUCUUUCAGCAAUAUCAUCUAACCUCCUUGUAAUCUCUUUCAACCUGUUACCAAUCUCAUGGCGAAACAUGAUGUUCUUUGGUUUGAAAGAGGUAAAUCCUCUGAGUCGACAAGACUCGAUCGAGUACUCAUCAAGGAUAUCAUCGAGCACAUAAACAGCAUCUUUGAGGUCUUGUAACCAUAGCUUAAUAGAGAGUUCUUUGAAUUGUUUCUUCUCAGCAUCUUCAAGAACAGCUUUGAUGUGAACUAAGUUGUCUGAUAGCUUUUGAGCCUUUGACUUGAUUCCAGAAAUGGUUGAAAAUUCAUUUUGAAGGAGAGAUGUCAAAUUUUCGAACACAACUCCAAGCAAAGCGCAAGCCAUUUUUUUGUGAAAACAAAUUAAAGAGUUGAAAAGAUAAGAAGACGAGAAAUUUGUUUAGAUAGAAUGAGUGUUGAACCAAGCUGGAGGACCUUUGAAAAUAAAUGCAAUGAAAGUAGAAAGUCAGCAUGUAGGUGCUCACAAACAGAAUAACGAUCUUCAGAAAAUGUUUAUGAAUCUAGUGCCUGCAUUUUUUUAUUUACGUUCCAUAUAAAAUUUCAUUCAAGUUGGUGUAACGUCAUUCACUUAUAUUUAAUCUUUAAAAUUUCAUGCCACUAGUGUUUAAAUUUAGUACUCUGGGUCAGGGGUGGAUCUGGUUUCACAAUAUUAAUGGGGCAAUUUUUUUUUUUGUCAAACAAUUAAAUAAUAUUAAAUUUGAUAAGAAGAUAUAUUAAAAAUAGUUGUUGCAACCAAAAUUACAAAGAAAAGUAUCUAUUUUUCAUUUGUUGAAUAUAAACUAAAAUUAUAUAAUUACUAAUUGUUCUAAGAACAUCCCUUUCUAUAUAGAUUACAAGAGAUGAAUCAAAUGCUCUAAGAGGAUACCCAUGCAUAUGGAUGGGUGAGCGUGUUGCGCUUUUUUUGAAAGUAAUUCACAAUUGUGUAGAAAUUAUAUAUAUAUAUAUAUAUAUAUAUAUAUAUAUAUAUAUAUAUCAUUGUAUUGAUUUUUUUGAGAGCAUAUUGAUAUAUGAAUAAAAAUAUAGAUAUAUGUAUAAACUGUACAAAAAAAUUAUUUAUUUAUAAAAUAUGAGUACAAAUACAGACACAUUUAUAAAUAAAUAAAUAGGUUCUCUAAUUAAUAUAUGAAUAACAAAAACCCAUUUGGGGUUGGCCCAGCGGUUGGCUUGGGAUCUUGGAGUUUGCUCCUUCAGAGGUCUCAGGUUCGAUUCACUCUGGUGUCAAUUUCGGUGGGCUAAGUCCAUACAGAGCUUGCUCUGGCUUUAAACGAUGCCCCCGCAAGUGGGCGGUGGGAUUGGUCCCCUCGGAUUAGUCAAUUCUUGGAUCGGAUACCGAGUUUUCAAAAUAUAUAUAUAUAUAUAUAUAUAUAUAGGGGUUUGCUAGAACACACCCACUAGUUUUUAUGUGGGAGUGUUUUAGCAAAGCUACACCUUAAGGUGUAUUUAACCACUUUUUAGUUAUUCAAUUGCUAAAAUACUCAUUCUAAAAACUAAGUGGAUGUAUCCUAGCAAAUGCCUAAAUAAAAAUAUAGACAUCUGUAUAAAUUAAAAAAUAACAUAUAACACCAUCUUAAUAUAUGAAUGAAUAUAUAGAUACAUGUAUAACAUAAAAAAAAAAAAAAAAUAGUUGUUUAUAUUAAUAUAUCUUGGAGUUUGCUUCUCCAGAGAUUUUAAGUUCGAUUCUUGGAUCGGAUACCGAGUUUUAAAAAUAUAAAAAAAAAAAAAAAAAACACCUUGUCAAGAAAAAAAAAGAACACCCUUUUUUUUUUGGUACAAAAAGAACACCUUUUUAUUUAUUUAAUUAAAUAUAAGUUUCAAUACGAUUAUGGUUAAGGAGGUCAUUCAGUGAUACCUCUAUCUACUAUAAAUAAAUAAAUUUAGGAAAACAAGUUGACCAACAAAUUUAUUAUUCGAAAAAUAGUUGACCCACAAAUUCAUAAUAGUAACCGUAUGCUUGUGUUUUUUGACAACUGUUUUUUUUGCAAACAAAAAUCUUUUAUUUUUUUAAAAAAAGAAAAACUUUUACACAUUUUCAUUCAUUAUAAAAAGUGAUAUAUUGUUAUUUGUCAACUUUAUCUUAUUUCUAUAUGCCACUUUAUUGUUAUGAGAUUAUUUUGUGGAAUUUUUUUUUUCUGACCCUAUUGGCCAAAAAUAUAUAUAUACAUUUGAACUAGGCGCAUAUGGGUCAUUGUCAUUCAGUGUUAUCACUAAACCAAUGUAUAUUUGAUGUUAAUUUUGCGCAUCCAAUAAUAUAUAUACCAUUUUUUAAAUCAGUUUCACACACCAUGAGGCAUGAACCAUCCAAUUUUUCAUUUUUGUUCCCUCAAAAAAAAAAAUCAUUUUUGUUUUUUUAAUAUAAGUCUUAUAAAAAAAAUAAAUAUAGGGUCCCCAUGAGCUUAGAUUUUAAGGUAAAUUUCUCUAGCUACUAGGCUAUUUGACAAAAAAAAAAUAAAUAGGAGAUUUUAUAAUUUUAAUUGGAUUCUAUAUUUUAUUUUGAAAAAUUACUUGAAUAUGAACAAAAUCUAGAUUUUAUUUUGAAUAUAUAUAUAUCUUGAAAUAAUAUAUAUGUCAUUUCGUCGGAUAAUUAUCGGUGAAAAAUAUAUAUUUCGUCGGAUAAUAAUAAUAUAUAUAUAUAUAUAAUUUAUCGGUGAAAAAAAUUAUUUCGUCGGAUAAUUUUUCACAGAUAAAUUAUAUAUAUAUUCGUCGGAGAUCCUAAAUUAUCCAAUUAAAAAAACAAAAAUGAAAAACUGGAUGGUUUGUGGUGUGUGAAACUGAUUUAAAAAAUGGUAUAUAUAUUAUUGGAUGCGAAAAAUUAACAUCAAAUGUACAUUGGCUUAGUGGUAACACUGAAUGGCAAUGACCUAUAUGCGCCUGAUUCAAUUCCUCCUGAGUGAAAAAUUUUAAUUUUUUCUCAAAUAAAUAAAAAAAAGCAAAAAACGAAAAAAAAAUAAAAAAAAUUGAUUUUUUUUAAAGGGGGUCAGAGCUGAAAUUUUUUUGGCCAAUAGGGUCAGAAAAAAAAAAAUUCCUAUUUUGUGCUGAUGAGUCACUACAUAGUAGAGUCGACGGUUGUUGUCAAUUAUUUGAAUAUAAUUUUUGCAUCUUCUAAUAAAAAUGAGAAUAACUAUAAUAUUCUAAUUAUAUAAAUGUGAAUAACUAUAAUAUUCAGGAUUUAUACGGGGACAAACAUGAUUUUCCAAAUUUUAGAUUCACUUAAUUUCUUUUUUUGAUGUUAUUUAUUAGGGUUUUGGCUUAAUCCCUCUUUUACAUAAUUUUUCCUUUUUUAAUAAAAUUUCAGAGUAAAUGAUAGAAAAUAGGAGCAGCUUACCAACCUAGUUGAGAUGUCUAUAAUUUCUUCUUUAGUUUACCUUUCUUGCUCUCUUGAUUAAAAAAUAAAUAAAGAAUCUACUUUUACAUCAAAGUUCAUGAAUCUAGUCCUAGUGGCCUGUAUAAUUGCUAGGAAGAGUUUGAUUGAUCCACUUUAACCAUUAAUACGUGGCCGACAAAAUAAUGAAAUAACUUUGCUUUAUGAAAACUUUGAUUUGGCAUUUUAAUUUCGUACCCUAGCUAAGGAGUAAGGACGAUAACCGGUUGUUGAUGGGUCCAACUCUCUAAUAUCAUUCUUGUAUUGCAUUUACAAUGUUUGUUCAUACACAUAAUUAGGACAUGAAACUCUCAAGUCUCAAAUGAAAGAAAAAUCAAUUUUACAGUUAUUUCAUUAGUUUUUUUUUUUUUUUUUUCUACCAAUCAUUUUUAAAUGCCCAAGCAAUUCAUCUUGCACAAAAUAUUGAAAACCAUCUAACCGUCAAAACUCAAGUUUCAAUUUCAUCUUGGGAUGACAAUGGGUAUCCAAUGGAUAGAAUACUAUAGUAUCCAUCCUCAUACCAUUAUUUAUAAAAAAUAUCCGUACCCGAAUCCGUAUCCUCAAUGGGAAAAGGGUGUAUUUAUAGUAUUAGAUAAAACAAAACAAAAAAAAGAAAGAAAAAAAAAACAGAGAAGUGCUAUUUUCCACAAAGAUUUUUCCAACAAAUACCAAGAAUGUAUUGCUUUUCUGUUUUAUAGAGAUGGAGGAAAACUAUUAAUUCCGGAUUUAAUGGAAAUCAUGGCCAUGUGUUUAUGAAAAUGGAUGGCGGAUAUCAAGUCGUGGUUUUCGUGGAUAACAGAUUCGUAGGAACAAGCAUUUUCCAAAAAAAAACUCAAUGGCAUGCUCGCCAUUUUAAACAUAGAGCACAAAAAUGUCAUCGUGAGCUUAGUUCAGUUGAUAUGAACAAUGCAUAAUAUAUACAAGGUUUGGGGUUCAAACUCCGACCAACAAACAAAACAUAGAGCAUAAAAAUAAAAAUAAAAAACCUAAAGAAAAUGGCUAGUUCGCCAUUUCAUAUCAAGAACAGGAAAUUAAAUACUAAAAAAAUAUUAUUCCGUUUCAAAAUAUAAGCAAAUUUUAUUUUUUAGGUUCAUUUAAUUAAUUAUGUAUAUAGUUCAUAAUAUAGACCACAUAUAUCAUUAAUUGAAUGAAUUUAAAAAAUAAAAUUUGCUUAUAUUUUGGAACUGAUGGAGUAUAAUGCUCGGCAACUGAAAUGUAGAGUGCUGAGAAGUUCAGGAAAAAACCUGCGGUUUCACAGAAAAUGUUGAAAAAACUGGCAUGGUCGCCAACAUAUCAAUUUUUUUCUUUACAGGGACAGAAGAAAAAAAAAAUCAGAUUAUUUUGUGCUGAUGAGUCACUACAAAGUAGAGUCGACGGUUGUUGUGAUUAGUCAAUUAUAUUUAUAAUUUUUGUAUCUUCUAGAAAAAAUGAGAAUAACUUUAAUAUUCUAAUCAUAUGAAUGUGAAUAACUAUAAUAUUCAGGAUUUAUACAAGGACAAGCAUGGUUUUCCAAAUUUUAGAUUCACUUAAUUUCUUUUUUGUUUUUGUUAUUUAUUAGGGUUUUGGUUUAGUCCCCCUCUUAUAUAGUUUUUCCUUUUUUAAUAAAAUUUCAGAGUAGACGAUAGAAGAUGGGAGCAGCUUACCAACUUAGUUGAGAUGUCUAGUUUAUUCUUUAAUUUACCUUUUUCUCUCUUAAUUCAGUAUCGUUCAUUCCCAAAGUAAAAGUCGAAAAUGCCCCUACGCAUGUUAACAUGCUCUAGUGCAGAUUAUAACGUAACUUAAAAUAAGUAGCGUGACUUAACAUGCGCUAGUGUUAUUUGUGAGUUAUUUGUUGAAUGCUUAGCGCAAGUUAACAUGCGCUAGUGUAUUGUGAAACGUGAGUUAACUCACGUUGCCAUUUGCACUAGCGUGAGUUAACUCACGUUCAUAGCAGACAACAGAAACUGCAAUAAAUGCAGUGCAGUAACAGAACUGGAACUUGAAAAGUGUAAAAUGACCCGUAAUCACGCCACAUUCAUAACUUAACCGAAUUACGCCAGUUUAACAAGAGUAUCGGAUAAUACGACAUAAUCAAUCCAAAUUACUCAAAAACAUCGUUUUUCUCACAAUCACGUAAUCACACAUAAACGAUCCAAACGGUCCAAAUUUCCCGAAAAUACACAAGAUAUAAGCAGACUUAAUGACACGUAAACAAUCCAAAACAAUUCAUUUCAUAUAUUUAUAUAAUAUUAGUUACAUAUUGGCCAUAAAUAUCAAAAUUACACAACCGGCCACCAAAAAAAUAUUUCGGGGUGUAAUACCAACAAAAAAAAUGACGAACACCGACCGACCCAGAAGUGUCAUAACAUAUCUAACUAGACUAGUGAUAGUGCAUAUUCUUCGUAUUCAUCCAUGACUUCGAUCUCUUGCUUUGGCUUUUCCGGAGUGUCCAAAUUAAUAGGAUUGUGCUCAUUUGUUGGUUUCUUUGGCGGCAUCGGAUCCUUAGACAUGAGCUCAUCGAAGGCGGCUUGUCUAUCCAAAAACUGAAAAAGCCAUUGCUUCGCCACACUUUCUUUGUUUUUUUCCUUCAAAUCCGUGAGAAUAUUCCUAGGCUUUGCCAAGCUCUUUGUCAUGUCGAUAACUCUUUGCUUAUCCUUCCCUCUUAGUCGACCCGCAAGAAGGUGGCCGAAUAAAUUUGGCGCCAAGUCAUGGUUGUGAACUCCACAAAGCAUUGUAAUCCACCAUUCUUAUUUUUUUUUUCAAAGAAACAUUUCAACCUAAACGGACAGUUACACUUCCUUGAGCCCGUGCCUUCAAGCUUCGGUUUCUUCCUCGUCUUAUGUGGCUUGUAUUCACCACUCCUCUCACAUUGCGUCGUCACGUAUGGCACUAUAGUACUAGAUUUAUCUAUAGAAAUAGUAAAUCCCUCCCUACCCACUUGUCGAUAAACCCAACCAAGUAAUUCUUCUCGAUCUUUCCAUCUUUCAUUUGUUGUAAAAAUGACCCGGUGUUUACUUGAAUAACACGAACACCGGUAGGUACCAGUUUAGGCUUCUCUUCAAAGUUACCAGUAGGUACCGGUUUUGUUUGGCUGUGAACUAUGUGAGCUUCAACUUGAAAAGGAAUUUUCACUUUAAACUUCACAUCAUUGGUUGGUUUGCGUACGCCGGAAGCUUUGUUUAUGCCCGUUUCGGCUCAACGCCAUCCUCCGCCACAUUUUCAACCAUGCCACUCAAUGUCUACUCAAUAAAAAAAAAUAAAGAAAAAAUAAAUAAGUGACUUGUGCGGCAAGCAAAGGAAAUAAAAAAGUGGCGCAAAAUUUCAAAUUCUGGGCUACUGUUAGUAGCGUGAGUUAACUCACGCAAGUGCUAUCUACCUACGCAACUUAAGUCACGUUGCCCUUACAACUAGCGUGAGUUAACUCACGUUGAGCCCAACGCUUACUGCAAUGAAAAACGAAACUACCAGCAAACCCAGCAAAAAGGAAAAAGUUUUGAUUGUACAUUACCUGUUCUUUGAUGCUUGAUGAGCGUAGAAACUUGUCUCCUGACGAUUUGCAAUGAUUUGGAAUGAAGAUUUUGACUCAAAAUUUCGCACUUUUGGGGGUUUUUGGAGGUGGAGGGAAAGAAAAAAUGGAGCUUUGUGGUUGCCUGCUGGGUUUUGAACGAAAAUAGUACUUGACGCAAGUUAACAUGCGCUACGUGACUUAACUCACUCUGCGUGACUUAAGUUAAGUUCUCCUUAUAACUAGCGCAUGUUAACUCACACUACGCAAGUUAACAUGCGUAGGGACAUUUUCGACUUUUACUUUGGGAAUGAGCGAAUUCAUUUGGGUAAUGAGCAGAGAUCCAUAAAAAAAAAAAAAAAAGGUUUAAAUAUGUCUUUAGUCCUUGCACUUUUAUCAGAUUUUUGCAUUGGUCCCUACACUUUUUUUUUUUUGUUUAGAAUUGAUCUCUGCACUUUGUAAAAAUAUUGGUAUUGGUUCCUCUAUUAACUUUCUGUUAAAAAAAACACAAAACUAUUGAUAUUGGUCCCUGCACUUUGUAAAAAUAUUGAUAUUGGUGCCACGUGGCGUGAAAUGAUUGAGCCACGUGGCACUCCGUUGGUUUUGUUUUUUUUUUUUUUUAACAUAAAGUUAACAGAGGGACCAAUACCAAUAUUUUUACAAAGUGUAGGGACCAAUGCCAAAAUCUGAUAAAAGUGUAUGGCUCAAUGACACAUUUAAACCAAAUAAAGAAUAUAUAUGAAUCUAGUCCUAGGGGCCUGUAUAAAUCUAGUCCUAGUGGCCUGUAUAAUUGCUAGGAAGAGUUUGAUUGAUCCACUUUAACCAUUAAUACGUGGCCGACAAAAUAAUGAAAUAACUUUUCUUUAUGAAAACUUUGAUUUGGCUUUUGUGACAGGUUAUAAUGCUAUGUUAUAACUUUACACUUUACUUAUUUAAUUUCAUAUAAAAUUUCAUUCAAGUUCUGGUGUAACAUCCAUCAUUCAAUGAUAUUUAGUCUUUGAAAUUUCAUGCCACACUGGCAUUUUAAUAUCGUACCCUAGCUAAGGAGUAAGGACGAUAACAUUAACCGGUUGUUGAUGGGUCCAACUCUCUAAUAUCAUUCUUGUAUUGCAUUCAAUGAUAUUAAUGUUUGUACGUACCCAUAAUUAGGACAUUCUCUAGUCUCAAAUGAAUAAUCAAUUAAACAGUUAUUUCAUUAGCUUUUUUUUUUCUACCAAUCAUUUUUAAAUGCCCAAACAAUUCACCUUGCACAACAUAUUGAAAACCAUCUAACCGUCAAAACUCAAGUUUCAAUUUAAUCAUUUAACUCAUUACAUAUCAACAUGUACAAAACUUUGUUUCCCAUAUCACAUGCUCUACCUCAUUAAUUUGUCCAAUUUUGGAAGCUUCUUCAACGUACUUGAAGUGACUAUUAAGUCCUCUCAACAAUGCAAAAUCGAAAGUUACUAAAACGAACUAGAAAUACUAUAGCUAAAAUAUGCACUUAAGAAAAAGUUUAAUUCUUCAUAUCCUUCCAGUUGUGGUUAAAGAGUUCAAUGGAUGCAUCAACAACUUGCUACUCAGAAUAUUCCUUAGUAGUCAGCAGAUUUUGUAGCAGUAAAAUUCUUUAGUAAAAAACCCAGAAAAAUAUUUAUCUUAGGAAAAAAGAAAAGGCUUAUAUAAUGUUAACAACAUACUACAUUACCUGCACAAUUAUUUGAAAACUACCGCAAAGGUUGAUCGAUAAAAUAUCUCUUGUGUACACUCUAGUGCUGAUUCUUCGAAACGUGUUAAAACCAAUUCAACCAAAGCCUGAAAAUCACUCCAUAUGGAGCAUAUAUAACAAUGUUUUGAAUGAAAAUUAAGUAAAUUAAGCACUUGAUGAAAUCCAAACAUGUGAUUCAAUGACUUUUGAUCUCAUCACAUGUGUAUUCACAAUGGCAUAUUUGAUAUCAGACAACUCAGCAGAACGAUGUACAAGAGACAAACAAGAAGCUUUAAAAAAUUGUUCGGACUAAAGAUUGUAGUCAAUCAUCGAAAUGAAGCCAUGAACAUGAAGAGCCCUAAUGGCAGCAAGCCUAUGAAAGAGGGAUAUUUACUGAACUGAUAACAAAUAAGAAAAGAGGGAUAUUCCAUUAGACCCACGUUUAUUUGAAAUAUUGAAUCAUGAUAUGUAAAUGAAAAGCUAAAUAGCACAUAGAAAACAAAAAUAAAACCUAAAGGGGGUGUUUGUUUCAAGGUUAAGAAUGACAUUCCCGGGAAUACAUGGCUAGGGAAUGAUUAUACCCAUGUUUGUUAUGAGGUUGAGAAAAAAAUAUUCCUGGGUAUAAAGAUUCCUGGGAAUGGAGUAACUUCCCAUAACUUCCAUUAUUCCCAUGUAAAGAGAUGGGAAUGUGCAUUCCCAUGAUAUUAUGCAUAGAUUUAAAAAAAAAAAAUUGUAACUUCCAAUUUUUCCAGGAAUGUCAAGUUAUUUGCCAAACACUUUUUUUAACAAAUACCCAAUAAUCAAAUUUUCAUAUUUUCAUUCCCGGGUAUAUUAUUCCUGGGAAUAAUUUGUGUUUUCCAAAAACAAACGCUCGUAUGCACAAAAGUUCAACCAUACUCAACAGGCACACAUUGCAAAAAUUCAAUUAGUUUAGAAAUUAUGGUAGGCAAAAGCCAUAUGUAAUACAUGAAUUUCUGAUACUAAUCGAAUGGCAUUAUUGUGUACCAAAACAUUUGAUUUUGUCAAUGUAAGCUCCCAUUUAUUUAUCCAUCAACUAAGCCAACAGUCACUAUAUCCUUCCUCCACAUACUUCCUGCAAUUGAUGAGCUGCAAGGUUCUGAUUCAUUCAUUUGACGCACAUCCAUCUGAAAUAUUGAAUCACGAUAUAUAAAUGAAAAGUUAAAUAGAACAUGGCAAAAAGAAAUUACUCAACAGGCACACUCUGCGAAAAUUCAAUUAGUUUAUAAUCCAUGGUAGGAAAAAUCCAUAUGUAAUAUGUACAUAAUUUCAGAUACUAAUGAAAUAGAAUUAUCCAACAAAAGACAAAUGCUAGGAAAGACCCGAAAUGAAUUUAUAGAGUGGCACCCCUCCUUACAUGUUGGUUUUGUAGGGUUGAGUUAGACCCAGUGUACAAUAUAAUAUGGCAUUAGAGCCUAUGGAUUCAGACCACCUACCAUUUAUAUCCACGCACCAAGUCCAAUAGUGUUGGGCAUGAGGAGGUGUAUUGGGAAAAACACAAGCCCGACAUAGGAUAAAGAUAAGACAUGAAAAAUUUAUAAAUAGUGGCACCUCUCUCCUUACAAAUCGGUUUUAUAGGUUUGAGUUUGGUCCAAUAUAGAAAUCUACUACAUUGUAUGGUAGAAUGUUAGAAAACAACCCAAAGUGAAAGAAUAAAAGGAAAUAAAUACGGUUAUUUAUUAUUUGCAUAUACCUGUUGAUGAAGGAAUCGGUGUGCGACCUUGUAUUCCCUCUGGAGGAUGAUGUGCUGAACAGAACAAUCUGAACGCCCACGGUGAAGAAUAUUGUUGCAGCCCUGGUGAAGAACAAUGCUGUAGUGCAGAACAGAACAAUCUGAACGCUCCUGGUGAAAAAUAUUCGAUACGAAAUGCUCGAUGCUCUGAAAUAAAAAUCUGAACUUGCUUCGAAUUUGAACAGAAAUUCUUGAUGCCGGUGGAAUCUGGAGAGAGGCCAUGAAAGGUGGAAGAAAUUUUGGAAUUAGGAUUCUAUUUAAAUUUGCUUGUUUUGAGAGUAUUUGGGCAUCCAAUUGACACCUCUAGUCUACACAGUGAACCACCACAUUAUGCAAACGUGCACCUUAGGUAUAGACAAUAACAAAACAAUAUAGAAUGAAUUCUUAUAAGUUAGUUCAUGAAAACAAAAUAUUUCCAUUUUGAUAUCAGAAAUGGUCAACUCAGACGUAUGCACCCUUCACUCUUAGUGGUAAUGGACAGUCUUAUCAUGUAUUACAGAUUUCGAUUCCCCAAACAAAAAUGGAUAUCUAAUACAUGUUCUCUCACUGAACCGAUUAGAAGUUUUCUACUGGAAUAGGUAGCAACUGAACAUAGAUCCAUUUUCUAAAGAUCAUUGAAAAUAUUUGUCGGGUCGAUUGAAAAGUCAAGUAAAUGAUAAAAUCUGGAUUUUAUUUAUAAAAAGAAUCGAAAAAUCCAGAAAAAAAAAGUACCUGUUGGGCAAUAAUGUUCUUUCUCUCCUUUUCUUUAACUUUCUUCUCAUUUUCUGCUUCAACUUUGUCUUUUAUAAGCUCAUCUACCUUGCUCGUAUAUUCCCGAAUAGACUAGAGAAAAAUAAAAAAUGAUUAUUAACAAAAGAAAAAAAUGUUUGUCCUUAAUAAUAAUUGUAAUGAAAGAGACCCUUGUAAAAAACAUACCUGUAAGAGAUAAGGGAAGGAAAAAUCCAUCAUAUUGUUCUUCCAAGCUAGCUCUAAUGCAACAUCUGGCCGUAUUAGAUCAUAACAAGUAGAGAGGCACGAUGCAAAACACUCUUUCUUCCCCUGAAAAACAAAGACAGAAAGAAAUCUUGACCAAGUAAGCAGUAAUGAAGUGUAGAAAGAAUGAAUAUAAUUCAUAACGAUGAAGAGGUCACACCGCAGAAUGUGACAGGGCCUAAUCUGGCAAGGAUCUAAUAAAUGUACACCUGCUCACUAAAAUAAACAAGCAAAUCCUCUGAGAGUUUCUGGUCACCAGAUUGAUAGCAAGUUUCCAUGCAGUCCUUGUAAAGUUUGUCUUUCUUUAACAUACAAAUGGACUGUUUCCAUCUUCCAGCUUUCUUGUAAAUAUAAGCAGCAACACGUCUCAUCUCAAGGAGCUCGUGCUUCUCAAUCUGAUCAUGUGUAUUGUUGAAACCAAUCAAUAAUCAUUCAAGAUUUAGAAGUUUGCGAAAAGGAUGUAGAACUCAAUUUGGCCAAAUAAGUAAGAUAAGGAAAAUCCACCUUCUGUGCAAGACCUAUCUGAUUGAAGUUGUCAUACAGAUCUAUCGAUUUACGAAGUCUAUCGUAGUCCACCUCGUCAACAUAAAUUUCAUGCAAAGCUUCAUUAAUAGAAAACACAUUGCUGCUUUGAACUUCAACCAUGUACGGCUUUAUCAAUCGGAUAUGGCCUGCCUAAAAAUCAGAAAAUUCGAGCAACAAGUAUAAUUAUUGCAUUAAUCAUUUGCAACUAAUUAUUUACAUAACCUAAUAAGAUUAAAAUUACAGAUAUUAGGCAAUAGAGUACAAGAAAUAUAGACCUUCUGCGCUAUUUCUACAAUACGGGCAUGUUCCACAUGACGGGCAAGCACAUUAAGAAGAUCAUUUAUAAUAUCAGGAUGUUCUUGCAAGUAGAAAUGAACAGCCUUAUAAUAUAGUUCUACACGACCAACAUUUACUAUAAUAUGUUUGAAUUGCAUGUGGUCCCAUGCUUCUCGAGAGUGAUUCAUUACAGUGAUUGCAGCAUUAUUAAACUCUUCAAAUUGCACAUAUAGGUAUGUGAGUUCUUUCCAGAGUUGAUGUUCAUCACACGCCUGAAAAAGCUUGAGACUGUUGAGGUUGGUUGAGAACAACUUAAUGUGCUCCAUUAACAUCUCAGGACGAUAUCUUGCGUAAAGAACUCCCAACUCAGUAAAGAUACUCUCAUGAGCACACUCCAGUUCUAUCCCUUUCUCCAUUAGAGAGAUGAGUUCAUUGAAGCGUCUUCUGUUCUGAUAAUACUUGCAAACUUCUUCCAGAUCGUCCGCCUUCAUAAAAAUGAUGAGUGAUUAGCCAUAAAAACGGAAAAUAACAAACAAAUCAACAGUUUAUCUGCUACUUAUUGUGUAUACUAAUAACUAGAUGUUCUAUACUUCACCGGAACACAUCCCAUUAACUUGCAUGCAAUGAAAUUGAAAUAUGAGCGGAAAACCUGGAUACUGAAAAUUGGAGACAUAGGGACAGGGGUGGUAUUACUGUCAGAAAAAAUAAACGAAAGUUUAAGCUAGAAAUCGUGCCACCUGAACAAUAACAUUGAGACCACAAAUCUGAGCUAAGGAGGAUUCCCCAGCAUCAAUGCAGGAAAAACAAACAUCCUUCCAUGUUUUCAAACUGUUUGCUUUCUUAGCAGCAUCAACAGCAUCUUGGAAUUGUUGAAGCUUCACCAAUGUCACUGCUAACUUAGCCCAGUCAGGGAUAAAAGCAAAUAUAAUUUUUGCAGCCUCAUAAAGCGCCUCAGCAUACAAGCGGUCUCCAACAUUUGGCAAAUUAGAAACAUUUGGCAUCAAAAUAAACUCUUCAAUUUCUCCAAGCCGACCAAUCUUUGCAUACGCAUAAAUGAGCUCACUGUCCACCUUGGGCUCUUUGGUCUUCUGCCUAACCAUGAGAAGGUACUUUACUAGGUCAUGGUAUACAUUUGCAACUUCAGCAGCCUUUAUAACCUCUAAAAACUGAGUGGCAUCAUCUGCACGGAUGAACAACUCAAUUGCAUCACUUACUAAGCCUUUUCUUAGUUUCGCCUUAGCCACCUGGCUCCAUACAGAAUCUUCUUCAACGCAGAAUGCAAACUCCAUAGCUCGAUCAAUGGUCUUAAGGUUAUCUAGCAGAACAUUAACAGCCUUAACAUUCAGAUUAAAUUUCUUGAAAACGGCAAAAGCUUCUUCAUAUAAGCGUGCUUCCACUGCCGCCUUCCCGACAGCAGAGCCAUCAAAGUUGUCCAGCCUAUUUAUGUAACCCAUGACUCUUAAAGGAUCUGCUUUUAUUGCAGCAAGGAUCAGUAAGCUUUUUAGAGUGAAGUUUGCACUAAAAGCAGAAUUAUGUAGCACAAUCUUGUCGAGAAGGUCAAUCACUUCAUGGGUAAGAUUGGCAGUCAUAAAAGCUUUCACUGCAGCUGAAACUUGGUCAGGACUCUUGCAUUUAGGCAAAGCAGUAGACACCACUUGAUCAAUCAACUGUCUUCUAAACACGUUCCCAGGAUUUAGAACCUCUUUCCAGAGGCCACCAUCCAUCCGUUCCAUAACAUAUCUGACACAAACAAUAUCAUAAAUAAGACGAGUGUCCCAGACUAGCAUUUUGAAAUACAAUAGCACAAUAUUAAUGAAGAAUUGUAUACACACCUGGCUUGGAGUUUGAACAAGGAAUUUUUAUUGGUCACAUUAACAAGCUCAUAAUCACAUUUCCCCCUUGUGUAAGCAACAACGGCAAGUGUUGGGUCCCUUUGCUCACAAUAUUUACCAAUAACACGAGAAUCAUAAUAUAGGUUGGUUGUGAGAAAAUGUACUGGAUUGCUAUUGCUGUCAAUGAUGAUUCUCCCAAGAGCAUUAUGCACAUGUACAUCUCGGCUCCCCUCCCACACAAGAUCCUCCAAGAUCUGAGUAAGCAAACGAAGACGAUUCCUGCAUAUAGAAAGUAAAAUGAGAAAAUAAUAUGGUAAUGUGGAGAUGCAGGGCAGAGAGAAAAAUAGCAUACCUCUUUACAAAUUCUUCAACUAAAGGCUCAACUGGGAAAGGAGAACGAAUCGAAAGUACAAGACCUUUAAUGAAAUUUUCAGGGCAUCGAUCAUCUAACAACUGCCCUACAACUAGAGGAAUCUUUUGAGGAUUGACCUAUAGGUAAGAAAUAUAAUGUUAGAAAUUCACGUUUAAGAUUAGCAUAGAAAGAUUCAAAAUUAAAUGCAAUCACAAAAAAAAAGUUACCCUUUGAACAUAUUCUUCAACAUAAUGAAGCAUGUUUUGACUAUAGAGAUAAUGUAUGAGAUGAGGAACAAAACCAAAACGAUCACACACAUUAAUCAGUGGCCGUGCAUUUGGAAGGUUGGUCUUCAUUAGAAAGUUCUUUGUCUUCUCAGCAUCAUAAUAGCAUGAUUCCCGGGUUACACGCUCUACCUCCGUAAUAUGUCCCGUUUUAACAGCUACUUCAAUGUACUUGAAGUGAAUGUCAGGAUUCUUACUGUACAAUACAGAAUCAAAAGCCAAAAUUAUUAAAGUAAUUACUACCAAAAGCAAAAUAUAGUCUGUCUGGAAAAUCAAUGCCAUUUUCAUUCUUCAUUUAGAAAUACCUAGAUCUCAAAUGUGCACCCAAGAAAAGGUAUAAUCCUUCAUCAGAAUUGAAUUUCUCAAAGAGUUUGAUGCAUGCAUCAACACCCAGCUGUUUCGAAUAUUCCUUGGAAGUCUGCAGAUUAGGUACUAGUAAGAUUAUUUUAUACAGAAACUAUAAUAACAAGAAAAAAUAUCCAUGUUACAGUACCUGCACAAUUAUUUUAAGAUUUCCCCCAAGGUUGACAAGUAAAAGUUGUUCCAUACACUCCAGUGCCCAUUUUCGAGGAAGGGUUCCAAAAAACUUAACAAGAGCCUGAAAAUCACUUCAUAAUAAGAAGACAACAUAUAAAAGACUAAGUAGAUACAGUCACUCUAGCACCUGAAAUCCAAACCUGAUGUUCAAUGGCAUCAGUUUUCACAAUGAUGCGUUUGAUGUCAGGCAACUCAGUAUAAUGCUGCACAAGAGACAGACACGAAACUUCAAGAAAUUACUGACAACAAAUUACAGUCAGUCAUUGGUAUGAAAAGCCAAGAACCUGAAGAGCCCGGAUGAAAAGGCCGGCCUUUUCACAAAGUUUAGCAAUACGUGGACGAUCAUAAUGACUAAACACGCCUUUUGCCAAUAUAGAAUCAGCAACAUUUGGAAAGGUCUUAAGAUUGAUUUCCAGCAGCUAAAAAUGAUUAGAGCAAAUUUUCAUAAAAUCACAAAAAAAAUAUUGUAUGACUCCAUCAACUCGUAGAUAAAGAUUAAGGCAAAGAAAAUAAAGGAACCUUUGUUUGAAGAUGUCCAUGUUCAGGUAGGUCUGGCUUCAGCAGUUCCAACAAAAAGGUAGUUGCCUCACGGAUCAUAUUCCUCUAAAAAGUAACAGUAGAAACAUACAAACAAAAUUAAGGGUUGACGACUUGAUGUUUCCAGCACAUAAAUAAAAAACAAAAGGAAAUGAUUGGCUCUUUAUUUAACAAAUAGUUCUCGGUACUCAAAUUAAAGGAAAACAUACACGGGAUGGUUAAAAACCACUAUCAAUGCGAGUUUUCGGAAAGAGAAGGUCUGAUUCCAUUAGAUUUUUCAUUUUUCCAUUAAGUAGAAAAUAACUUUUCUGAAAUGCAAAAACGCAUUAUUCACUCUGCCACUUAAAACAUUACAUAAAGAUUUCAUAAAAGUCGAAGUAGAACAGGCUCAAGUAAUCAAGUAUUAUAGGUUCUAAAAAGGAAAAUGAAGAAUGAAAUGGAGACAGAAAUUGUGUACAUGAUACUUCCUUUUCUAAGUUAGGUCAAAUUACAAGUUACGCUUGAUAUGGGAGAACAAUGAAACCUACAUCAAUAAAACAAAAGAUAAAAUUAAAUAGACCUGAAGAAACAGAUCGGCUAUUUUGUUGUAGUCAACAGGGCAACCCCCCUCCAUUCGCAACAUCAUCAGAGCAAAAUCUAGAGCACCCUACAAUGGAACAUGUUCUGAGUAAAUGAAUAAACAAAAAGUAAACUCACAAGAUAACAGAUAUUCUAGAAAGAUAAACAUCAUAAGUAGCACAGAUGAGGUGAUAUCAUUUUAUGAUGUUUGGAUGUUUGGACUUCGGAUGCAUUCAACCAUCAUGCAUGAGGUGCUAUAAUUUUAUGGGAAAUGUUAACGAGUGCCCCCCGGGGCACUUGUUAAGCACUUUAAAUAGUAAGUUUUAAAUGAAAAGUUGUGUAUUGAAUGUAUUGGAAAUUGUAAUAAUUGACUUUUUAAAAGAAUAAUUACUAAAUUUGGGAUGCUUAAAGAGUGCCCUGGGGGCACUCGUUAACAAGACCUAAUUUUAUAAGUGCACCACAAUGAUCAGAACUGAAAUAAGUUUACCAAUAAAGUAUUUCCAUAAGGCAAAACUUGAUCAUUUCAAAUCGAACUACACUAACCUGGGCAUCUGUUUGCAAUAUUGUUUGCAGAAGGAAUAUGUAAUCAAGAGUGUAUCCAACCUGCAGUAAAUAAAAGGAGAAAAAUACAUCAUGCACUGCAAAAAUAAUAAUAAUUAACUAUGUAAUAAAACAAAAGUAUAACAUUCAUUUAACAGUCCAAUAUUACCACUAUUUUCAUGAUUUUGUAAAGUCUAAUAAAACAAAUGUUUCAUUACCUGCUUUGAGUAUGUCAAAAUCUUAUCAUAUUCCCUCCUCUCAGCAAAAGCUGCAAUAACCUUUGGUGUGGCACUUGCUUUAGUAUAUAUUUUCAAUGCCAGGUCUUUAUCCACUUUCUGCAUUAGAUGUGUGUCUUAUAAGAUUGAAUAGACAAACGAAAGGAAUAUAUAGCAAACUAAAUAUGGUUAUUGAAUCGAGAUUCAAAUAGUGAAUCAGAAGAACUAUUUUCUAAAUUGAGAAUUGGAUCUUAUCACAAAUCGUAAGAUACAUUAUCAAAUAGUUAAGAGUACUAGAAUCGAGAAUCGAGAUACAACUAGCACCUAGCAUCGAGAAUCGAGAUACAACUUGCAUGUAUCUUAGGAUAUUGAUAACCAUAAGUAUAUUCAACUGAUAAAGAAACUAAGAAUCAAUUAUAGAUUUGUAUGAGAACAGAACCUUCACAAGGUCACCAAGCUCUUCAGUGCAUUCAAGUUUAUCCUCUGCUAGCCAUUUUCCUAAAAGUUUCUGUUUGUUUCGACUUACGGCUAGCCGUGACAUUUUCAAUGACUCAAAAGCAUCCAGUUUUCCACUAGAAAACAGAUGGUCAAAGUAUUGUAAGCAUGAUGGUGCAUCUUCCAAAGGUACGUUCUGAAAAAUAAUUUACAGAAGAUAAUUAACAAAAGAAAUGAACAACUUAAUGAAAUCGUCAUGUUAUUACUCUUCCAUCCCAUUAACAAAAAAAUAAAUGUAACAUCAUGAAGCACGAACAAUCCUUGGAUUAGGCAUGUCCCAGUGUCGGACAUGUGUCGUGUCCGACACCGACACAUAUAAUUACACUGAAUUAAGUGAUUUUCUCAAAUUAUUAGCGGUGUUUGGGUUUCAGCGUAUGUGACGUGUCCGGUGUCCGUGUUUGUAUCCGUGCUUCACUAUUUUAUUCCAACUCUACUUUCAAAAUAAUACAAUAUACAUCACUCUUAUGUCAAUUAUACUUCACCAUACAUUUAUGGCGAUACUUAACACUCUCAAUAAUUAAUAACUCUAGUUACGACAUUCCAGCUUGAAGGUGUGUGACGAGUAUCUAGUAUCUAACCGUUGUGUUUGACUGCUAUCAAUGUCACUGUCGUAUUUAGUGUCUGCCUCAAUGCUUCGUAGAUUAAUAAUCAUCCUUAUGUAAAAUUGUUGCACACUUUUAUUUAUUUACAAAUUUUCUUAAUUUAUAUAAAAAUACCUAAAAAUGAAAAUUAAACAAUCCGAGUAAUAAGCACAGUUAAUAACCGGAAACAGCCGUUAAGACCUAGCUCAACUAACAAUGUCGAUAUUGUUAGGCUAAACAACUUUAUUAGGCUAAACCGGACAUUGCAAUUGCGUGUGAGUUUCAGGUGUUGGUGUUUUGACAAGAAAAAAAAUAGGAAACAGACACACACUCUCGCGCAGAUGAAUGAAAAUUGUUAACAAGAUUGCAAAAGCAGAGUGCAAAAACCAUUAAUAUAACAGAAAAUAGGGUUUGAUCGAUAUUUGGAAUGGGAAUGUGAGAAAUUACUAACCGUUGAGGAUUCUUUCAUGGAGUUAGGAGUGUUAUCACCCGCCAUGACGAUCGAAACAGAGUUUUAGAGAGAGAGAGUUGAAAUUUUGAAGAAGAAAGUUUGCGAGUAAGAGAUUGGAACACAGUGACAGUGAGAGCGAGAGUGAGCGAGUGGAAUGAAGAGAAUAGAGGAAAAACUGUUUUAUUAUAAGAGCUACGUGUGCUACAAGCAAGCAUAAGCAUUUAUAUUUUUUUAAAAAUCAAGGGCAAGAUUGCAUAACCAUAUCUUAUAAACAAGAGUAAGACAAUUUUUUUACCUUUAUGUGUACCGUUUGGCUAGGUUUUUUUUUUGUCUAAAAGCUACUUUAAAACAAAGUUAAAAUAAAACUCUUUAAGAAAAAAGUUAAAGUUGUUUGGUUUCUUUAAUUUUUUUUUAGUUCUAAAGUUAUUUUUAAGUUAAAAAUUAUUUAGCAAAAUAUUGUACAAAAUUUUAAAUUUAUUAUUUUUUUGGUGGUGUUUGGGGUUCGAACUCGCGACCUUGCAUAUAUAUAAGUACCGUUUGGCCAUGCUUUUUUUCGGUCUAAAAGCAACUUUAAAACAAAGUUAAAAUAAAGCUCUUUAAGAAAAAAGUUAAAGCUGAUUGGUUUCUUUAUUUUUUUUUUAGUUCUAAAGUUAUUUUUAAGUUAAAAGUUGUUUGGCAAAAUUUUGAUUUUUUUUUUUUGUGGUGUCCAGGGUUCGAACCCGCGACCUUGCAUAUAUUUAUACAUUGUCAAUAUCAACUGAGUUAAGCUAGAGAAUAAUUUGUUUUUUCUUUUCCAAUUAUAUUGUAUAACAAAUUUUGUUAUAAGAAUAUCAUAUUUUUGGUGUCAUUUAAAAAAAAUAAGAAUUUAUAUUAUAUGAUAUUAUAUUUGUUACAUUGUUGGAGUCAUUGACAAAGAUAUGUUUAGUUUUUUUAAUAAGAAAAAAAUAUGCAUAGUUUGUUACAAUAUAAAUGUGUAAAAUAUAUAUAAGUAUAAUUUUUUUAAGCAUCUAUACUAGUACUUUUAAUUAAAAUCAAAAUUUUAUAAAAAUAAUAAUUGUUACAAUAUAAAUGUGAGGAUGAGAGCGAGAGUCUGUGAGGAUGAACGGACAGUCCGACUGCGGCCACAACGCAGGGAGGACGUCCGGUGUUCUUCUUCGCCGGCGGAGAGAUCCAAUUGGGGGGGAAGGGAGCCAAGCUGGGUGCCACUUAAAGGGGGGGUUGGGGGAGAUUGGCUUGUUGUGAGUCCUAGAAUGGGGAAAGCGCGGCGACAAGGAGAUCGAGGUCGGGAUCGGCAGCGGAAGGUCAAGCGGUUCCGUGAUUGGGACGAGGCAGGCAAGAGACAAUCUAGAACUAGGGAUUCACGCAGGUUCGGUUACGGCAGCGAUGCGGAUUUCUACCAAGACAGGCUUGCUGAGCGGUCUGAUGAGGAAUUGAGGAAGGACUGGUUGCGGUUUGAGAAUAGGAAUCGCGCUAGUGGUCACAGCUCUGGGGUUGCUGGUUAUGCGCGUCGGAUUCCGGCGCUGGACAGGCUUGGUGAGGGCGGUAGGAAGCAGGACACGCGCGACAUCAGCGGAGCCACCAAGGCCUUGACGAAUGCGGCUCUUUUUCGACGGUAUGUCACGUUUUAUUUUACUAAUUUUCCACCGUUCUUAUCGAAUUUUUAUUUACGAAAAGGGUUUGAGGUUUGUGGCAUGCUGGACGAGGUUGUGGUACCCCGUAGGUGCAAUGUUAACGGAGAACGGUACGGUUUUGUGAGAUACUCGAAUGUCCGGGAUGUUAGUAAGUUGUUGAAAGCCGUGAAUACUGUUUGCUUUGGUAAUUUCCAAAUUAAGGCAAAAGUUGCUAAUUUUGACAAGGCGGCAGCUAGAGUGGUUGAGAAUUUGGUGGUUGGCGCGGGUGCGAAGGAUACCGCGGGAGGAGGUGUUAAGGUCGGUAAGGGAGUUAAAUCAGUUGUUGAGGGUGAUGUGAUGGAAGCUGGAUCGAAAGCUGUUGAAGGCCAAUCGGAUGGACUAGAGGGACGGGUGCCACAAGCCAGAGUGGGUGCGUUGGAUAACGUUCAGGUUGGUGACGUGACGGUGAGCUUGGGUAAGGGGCAUAGUAAGGAGCAACAGGGCGGUAGCGGGAAAAGUAAGUUCGUUAAGUUUGAUGUUCGUCAUACAGGGGGGCGACCUUCAAUCCAAAAUUUGGUCCGGAUGUAUCGUUCAAGUGUGGAAGAUCUUCAGUGGGCCCGUUCAGGUGUGACUGCUACGGUGACUAAUGGUGAGAGUAUCAGGGGCGUUCAAGAUAGAAUUGCGGAUGCGGGUAUAUCAGAAAUUGACAUCAUUCCAUUAGGCGCUGACAAAGUUUUCAUUCGUAGUAUGUCCGAGGUUAGUGUUACAACUAUUUUGAACGAUGCUAAGGAUUUCUUUGCUUAUUUUUUCACCAAUAUUGUGAGAUGGGAUAAGAAUUUGGUGCCGUUCCAAAGGGGGGCCUGGUUGAGGUUGUAUGGUAUUCCGCUGCACGCUUGGAAUGAAAGCUUUUUCAAAUUAUGUAUUCUUGACGUGGGAAGGCUUUUACGUAUGGACACAUGCACUGUGGAAAAAGAAAGAUUUGAUUAUGCUAGGAUUCUGGUGGCUACAAAUUCUUUAGAGAUUAUAAAUUGUUCGGAGAAGCUUUUGAUAGAUGGUGUUUUGGUCACUGUGAAAGUGGUAGAGGAGUGGGGUUUUAAUAUUGGCGAUGAUGCUUGCCUUUACGAAGAGGAGGAGAAUGGGUCAAUUGAGGGUCAGGCUGACCCAGAAGAUGUGCAUAUUGAUCACGAACAUGAGGUUAACGCAGAUUUUUUGGUUGAUAAAAUAGUCCAAGAUUUUUUUGAUUCGGAGAGUAACGGAAGAAUUUUUGAAGAUAAGGUGGAGAAGGCGGUCUCAAAGACGGUUAAGCUUAAAGCGGUAGGUGGUCAAUCGAAAGUGGGUAGGUGUAGUGAAGCCUUGCUCGAGGGGGAUUUACAACCUUUACGGUUAGAGCCCUUUGUGGAUCAAUUGAUGGGUAGUGCGUCACCUGAGUGUAAGGUUGAUGGGCAUGGCAGUGCCGACGUUCCUGUGGAUAGAAGUGUUGAUGCUGAUGAGUGUCCAAGUGAUGGGGGGUCAGUUACUGUUAGGAAGCUUCGAACUCGUCGAAUGGUUUCAUGCCCUCCCAGAGCUGAUCGUUCAGUGGUAUCUGGUCCGUGGAGUCUGGAUUGGAUAAAUGAUCAACAUCUUAGUGACGUAGGGGUUGUGUCUUCUUCUCGGAAAUUUGACGCUAAGGGUAAGAGGCUCAAGGCUUGUCGUAAUAUUCAAGAGGAUGUUGUUGUUAAGCGAAAGAAGGUGAAGGGGUUAUUGCGUCAUUCAGUUCUUAGCUUGAAAAAAGUGGCACGGCUUCCUACUAAAGACCGGAAAGUGGUUAUGAAAAUUCUAAAGAAAAAUGAUCGGAAGUUUAAAGGAUCCAAUUCAAUCAGAAAGACGGCUAGGAUGAUUUCUAAAGACCUAUCCGAGAAUUCAUCAUCUUCUAGCUCUAUUAAUAAUAGUGACUGGAAGCAUUGGGUGGUACUUCAUGGGAGUGACAAGGUGGUGGCGGAGGAUGUGAAGACCCUAGGGGAAUCUAUUGGUGUGAAUCUUAGUGGGUACAACAAUAGAUUUGGGGUGUUAGCAAGAAAAGGGAUGGGGAAAAAGAAGAAGUUAGCUUUUGGUGAUGGUGGUUCAGGAGGGGCGGUUGAGGGUGUUGUGUAGGCGUGGUAGCGGUGGCUGGGAGGGUGUGGGAGAUGAAGUUGUUAUCUUGGAAUGUAAGGGGGUUGGGUGGUUACGAGAAGAGAAAGGAUGUUCGAGCUCUGGUGAGGGAUAAGCAGCCGUUGAUUUUAUGUCUGCAAGAAACGAAGUUGCAAAUGUGUGAUGUUAAUGUGUGUUCGUCGGUUUGGGAUAGGCAGUCGACGGAGUUCUCUUUUCGCCCGUCCCAAGGGGCGUCAGGGGGAUUGCUGACCGUUUGGGAUGCCUCGGAGGUUGAGGUGUGGUCGUCAGGCUGCUUUGAUCAUGUUUUGAGUAUUCAUGGCCGGUUCAUUUCUUCAGAUGAAGAAUUUCACUUAUUCAAUGUGUACGCUCCUUGUGAUGGAGGAGCUCGACAGAUAUUAUGGGUUGCUUUAACGACUCGUCUUCAGGCUCUUAGGGGUAAAAAGGUGUGCGUUUGCGGUGAUUUUAAUGCGGUCCGGAGUCGGGAAGAACGUAGGUCGGCGACGGUUUAUGGCGGUGUGUCGGAGUAUGGUCCUUUUAAUCAAUUCAUAGAGGAAAAUGGUUUGCUUGAUUUACCGUUGUGUGGGCGUAAUUUUACUUGGUUUAAAGGGGAUCGUCGUUCAAUGAGUCGACUUGACCGGUUUUUGGUUUCUGAAGAGUGGAGUUUGGUUUGGCCCAAUUGUAUUCAGGUUGCGCAUUUGAGAGGUUUAUCUGACCAUUGCCUGUUGAUUUUGUCUGUUGAUGAGGAAAAUUGGGGGCCUCGACCGUCGCGGUUCUUGAAAUGUUGGUCAGACACCCCGUGUUAUAAGCAGUUUGUUACUGAUAAGUGGAAAGCUUUACAGGUGGAAGGUUGGGGUGGAUAUGUUUUAAAAGAAAAAUUCAAAUUAAUCAAAUUGGCGCUGAAAGAGUGGCACAUAUCUCAUUCGCAGAACGUAGCAGUGAAAAUUGAUUCUCUUAAGGUCAGGUUGGCCGAGUUAGAUGGUAAAGGGGAGGUCGAGGAGUUAUCUGACGCAGAAUGUGUUGAGUUGCAUGGUGUGUCAGAAAAUAUUCAUUUGUUAUCCAGGCUUCACAAUAGUAUCUGUUGGCAGCAAUCGAGGAACCAGUGGCUGCGUGAAGGUGAUGCGAACUCUAAGUUUUUCCAUUCCAUUAUGUCCUCUCGUCACCGUCAUAAUUCUAUAAGUUCAAUUUUGGUUGAUGGUACUUUGGUUGAGGGCAUUGACCCUGUUAGGAAGGCGGUGUUUACCCAUUUUGCGACUCACUUUCAAUCGUAGAGUGUGGAGCGACCAAGUGCGUCGAAUCUCCAGUUCCGCAACUUAUCUUUGGUUGAGGGAGGGGGCCUGAUUAGACCUUUUUCGGUAGAUGAAGUUAAGGCUGUUGUGUGGGAUUGUGAUAGUUUUAAGAGCCCGGGUCCGGAUGGAGUAAAUUUUGGAUUCAUAAAGGAGUUUUGGGUUGAACUGAAAGAUGAUAUCAUGAGGUUUGUCACUGAGUUUCAUCGAAACGGGAAGUUGGUAAAAGGUAUUAAUACUACUUUUAUUGUUCUUAUCCCAAAAGUUGAUAAUCCGCAGAGGCUUAAUGAAUUUAGACCUAUCUCUUUGGUAGGAAGUAUGUACAAAAUUAUAGCUAAGUUGUUAGCUAACAGAUUAAGGUUGGUGAUUGGUAGUGUGAUUUCUGAAACUCAGUCUGCUUUUAUUAAGAAUAGACAGAUUCUUGAUGGUAUUCUUAUAGCCAAUGAGGUGGUGGAUGAAGCUAAAAAGUUUAAGAAAGAUCUUAUGUUGUUUAAGGUGGAUUUCGAAAAAGCGUACGACUCUGUUGAGUGGGAUUACUUGGAUUCGGUUAUGGAAAGAAUGUCGUUUCCUGUCUUAUGGAGGAAAUGGAUUAGAGAAUGUGUGGGUACUGCUACAGCUUCUGUUCUUGUUAAUGGUAGUCCUACUGAUGAAUUUCAACUGCAUAGUGGCUUGCGUUAGGGGGAUCCCUUGUCCCCUUUUUUGUUCCUGAUUGCGGCUGAGGGUCUUCACACGUUGAUGAAAGCGAUGGUUGACAAUCAGUUGUUUACGGGGUACUCGGUUGGGGUGGCAAACCCGGUUGUUGUUUCUCAUCUGCAAUUUGCGGACGACACUUUGCUGCUUGGCCAUAAAAGUUGGGCUAAUGUUCGGGCUCUUCGUGCGACUCUUGCCAUUUUUGAGUUGAUGUCCGGUUUGAAAGUGAAUUUCAAUAAAAGCUUGUUGAUGGGUAUUAAUAUCUCUGAUUCUUGGUUGAGUGAGGCUGCUUCGGUGUUGAGCUGUAAAGUAGGUAAGAUUCCUUUUUUGUAUCUAGGUUUGCCUAUUGGGGGUAAUCCGCGGAGACUUUCGUUUUGGGAUCCUGUCGUGAAUCGUAUUAAAUCUAGAUUGUCGGGGUGGAAUAGCCGGUUUCUCUCUUUUGGUGGUCGCUUGAUCCUUCUGAAAGCCGUGUUGACUUCUCUGCCUGUCUAUGCUCUUUCCUUCUUUAAAGCUCCAACAGGUAUAAUCUCUUCCAUUGAUUCUUUGUUUAAUAAUUUUUUUUUUUUUUUUUUUUUGGGGGGGGGGGGGGGGGGGAGUGAGGACCGUAGGAAAAUUACUUGGAUAGAUUGGAAUACUGUUUGUUCUAAAAAGGAGUUAGGAGGGUUGGGGGUUAGGAAGUUGAAGGAAUUUAAUGUAGCUUUGCUAGGGAAAUGGUGUUGGAGGUUGUUAGUAGAUAGAGAUGGCUUGUGGUAUCAGGUUUUAGUCGCCCGUUAUGGCGAGAUCGGUGGGAGAUUGGAGGUGGGGGGCCGGAGUUGUUCUUCUUGGUGGCGGGAGGUAGGGAGGAUCUGUGAGGGUGGGGGCGGUGUAGGGGGUGAUUGGUUCGGCAGUAGUGUGAUUAGGAAGGUGGGGGAUGGUGCUGAUACGUUGUUCUGGUCUCAUAGGUGGUGUGGUGAUCGUCCUUUUAGUGAGCGGUUUGGCAGGUUGUUUGACUUAGCUGAGAACAAAGCCAUUUCAGUGGCUUCUAUGUUCUCUCUUGGCGUGGUGCAGGGGGGGAGGGUGGAGUUGGAGGCGAAGAUUGUGGGCUUGGGAGGAAUUUUUAUUAGAGGAGCUUAGGGCUUUACUGCUUGAUGUUUCUUUGUUGCCUAAUGUUUCAGAUAGAUGGUUGUGGCUACCUGACCCUGUGGGGGGUUAUACUGUUCGAGGAGCUUAUGUUAUAUUAAUAGAGGGCGCUCAUCCUCUUUUGACCGAAGCAAUGGAUCUAGUUUGGCAUCGUCAGGUCCCCUUAAAGGUCUCGAUUUUUGCUUGGAGACUUCUCCGGGAUCGGUUACCUUCAAAAGCAAAUUUGGCAGCUCGUGGUGUUCUCAGUUCUGAGGCGACUCUUUGUGUUAUGGGCUGUGGUCAUGUUGAAACGGCCGAACAUUUAUUUUUAUUUUGCCCAAAUACUGUUUUGUUGUGGCAGCAGGUGCGCAAUUGGCUAGGUUCUAUGGGGGCGGAUCCGAAUAAUCUUCAUGAUCACUUAGUGCAGUUUACUUACUCGACAGGUGUUGGUAAAGCUAAACGUUCUUUUCUGCAGCUAAUUUGGAUUCUGUGUACUUGGAUUGUGUGGAUCGAACGUAAUAACCGCUUGUUUGGUAAUGUUGUAACGGAUGUCCCAAGGUUAUUGGAUAAGGUUAAAUUGUUAUCAUUACGGUGGCUGAAAGCAAAAAAAAAACGUGUUUGUUUAUGGUACUCAUAUGUGGUGGUCUAGUCCUUUGUUAUGUUUAGGCAUUGGUUAAUUCCUGUUUUUUGUUCUUUGUGUUGGACUCUGUAACAUUUUGUAUCUUGUAGCAGAAUUCUAGGCACAUCUUGUGCUUGGAAUAUGCUAUGUUUGUGUUAAUAUAAUUCCAUUUUGAUGUGUUCAAAAAAAUAAUUGUACGCAUUGCGCAACACUGAAAAAAAUAUACGCAUUAGUGUAACAAAAAAAAAAAGACAUACAGACAUAAAAUAUUACUCUAAACGCUAAUGUGUGUGUGUAUAUUUGUGAGGUUGAAGAAAGGGAAUAAAAAUAUUUGGUGUCAUUCAAUGACUGCAUAAAUAAAAAUAUUUGUGAGGUUGUGAUAAUUAAACGAUAUUAAAAUUAAAUAUAUAAGUGAUUAAUAGAUAAUAAAAUUCCUUCAAAAAUAGAUAAUAAAAUUAAAUUGAUCCUCCUUUAAAAAAAUUAUAUGGACCGGUUCAAAAAAAAAUUAAAUGGAAGAAAAAAACAAAUCAAAAUAUAAUAUUAAAAAAUAAAAUAUAAGGUUGCCUGUGUGAGUUGAAGAGAAGUGCUUGUGAAAUAAAUUACAGAGAAGUAGUUUUUUGAAGUAGCAUUCAACAACUUUUAAAGCUCAUUCCAUUCAAUUUUAUGAAUUCUAAAAAAAAUACAUUUUUUCGAAGGUACUUUAUUGAUAUUGUGUUUCGCCUAGCUUCUCUUUAAAAAUGUAGAGAAGUUGGAAAAAAAGUCGAGUCAAACGGUACCUUAUAAGCUUAUUUGAUUAAAAUAGAUUUGUUUCGUAAUUUUCACUUUCUCACAGGUUUAUAUCUUAUUUUCACUAAUUUAUGGUUUUUUUUUUUUUAAACACCACUGAAAUUCACGCACACAACAAAGUCUCAGGUUUAGACUCGGAUAGAGGUGUCCAACCUAACCAUUGACAGAUGAGUUAGGCUUUCCAGACAAUUUAUGACAGUUUUUUAUAAGCUAAUUCAAUUACCUUGUAGUUUAAAGUUUAUAAAGUAUCAUUAUUUAUCUCAACAAUUUUACCCUUCAAUCUUAAUUGAAAAAAAGUAAAUAUUAAUUAAAUAUAUCAUUUCAUAUUUAUAAGUUAGUUCAACCGCUAAUUAUUUAAAACAUUACAAAUCCAACUAGCUAGUUUACUUGCUAUCAACUAUAAGAAGGCCGAUAAGUUAUCAUCUAUAAUUUCAUGACUGUUGCUUUUCUGACAUCUAAUAUGUCUUGGAAACACAAGUAAAUGACUAAAAAAUUCAACAUAGUUAACUGCUGUCGAUUUUCUAGUUAUAAGCCAGCAGUAGUUAACUACUGUUAGAGAUAUUUUAAUAUUUUACUUGUGUUUUUAGGAAGUUUAUGAUGUUAAAAAAACAAUCGUCUAAUUUCAUAUGAUAUAAGGUUUAUCGGUUCAGUAUUUGCUAUUUUACCAAACAAAAUCAAUAUAUGAAAUUGGAAGGGAUGAUAGCUUUAUUAAGUUGGAAAGUUUAGGUGAGAUAGACUCGAGAGUUAUCCAAAAUCAAGGUAUACCUUGAGACUUAACAAAUUCAUUUUUAACUAGUAUAACUUGUCCCGUGUGUAAUAUUUAUUUUUACAAUUUGUCUCGUGUUUAAUAAUUACUUUGGCUUUUUAUCAAUGACAAAUCUUCUAGAUGUAUGAUAACUAUUUUAAAGGUUUCAUCCUCAAAAUAAAAAUAAAGUUAAAAGGUUUUAUUUUAUAAAGGGUAAAUAUCUCUUUUCGUCCCUGUAAUAUUAGUGAAUUUUGGUUUUAGUCCCUGUAAAAAAAGGAUUUAGAUUUGGUCCCUGUAAUUUCAGAUUUUUCCACUUUUGGUCCCUCAUUCCACCACGUAAGCAGAAUCUGCAUACAUGGCACGUAAAAAUGAGGGACGAAAAGAGGUAUUUACCCUUUUAUAAAGCAAACUAUCGUUAUUUAUUUAGGAAAAGAAAUUUUUUUGACUGUUUUCCUUAAGUUUGUUGUCGUUUUCUUCUAAAAAAAAAAUAUUUUGUUAAAAAUCGAGAUGUUACAAUUUUUUUUUGUUUUGUAACACAGACUUUAGGACUAUCGGAAUGUACUCCCUCCGUCUCUAAAUUAUAGUCGUAUAAAGUUUAUGCACGAUUAUUAAGGAAAUGAUUAAUUGUAUUGAUUUCAAUGGUAAAAUUAACAUCAUUUACUAAGAUACUCUUAUUAACAUGUAGUUAGUGAAAUAGUUAAGUUGGAUGAAAUUUAAUAAAUAAGGAUAUAAUGAUGGAAAAAAUAAAUGAAUGUUGCAUUAGUAUUUGUAAAGCGACAAUUAUUUUGAUAAAAAGAAAAAAUGCGAGAUUAUUAUUGUGAGACGGAGGGAGUAAUCUGUAGCAUAUAAUUUAUGACACAAUUCACUUCAAAAUUACAUAAAUAUACGAGCGAUCAGUUUAGAGUUUAGUAGUAAGAGUUCGAUCAUCUAUAUAACUUUUAGACAAUUGUAAAGCAACGAUUAAUGUCACUUAAUAAAUUUUAGAAAUUACAUAUAAAUAGAAGAACAUAUACAUGUUUGUAAACUCUGCUACUGAUGUGUGAACAGAAAAUAAUAAUUAUUUCAUCAAAAAAGAAAAUAAUAAUUAUGACAAAAACAUUAAUUUAUGUUAAGAUACAUGUUUGUGACAAACUUUAACAUGUUUGAGAGGAUUGAUGAUGAGGUUACUAUUGCUUGGUACAGCACAACCAACUUUCUUCAAUUCUAGAAAAGUUUGUGUAGUGUCAGGAUCAAAGCCACCUGCAAACUGAAUGUCUUGAUGGGUGAUGAGUUGGAUAAAAAAGUAAAUGUCAAAUUCAGAAAGUUCUGAGGAAUGUUAUUGUACCUGAUGUACUCUGAAUGCAAACUUAACUCCUUGUAAUAAGAGGUUAUUAUUAUCUUCAUGCAAAGCUUCAUGAGAUUUUAUUUCUUUAGUUAUUCGUUUCAUGAAUUCCUUUGCUAGCCUCAGUGAACAUAGCUUUAUCUGCAAGUUAUUAACAUGAUAAAGCCUUUCAAUAGGUUUUUAUGGUAAAUAAUAAGAUACCCUUUUGAAACAUGUAUAUCAUAAAAGGUAUAGAUGAUUCUGAUGUUAUUGUAGUGAUACUAUCUAUAUUAUGUGACAUGCAUCAAACAAAAUCAUUCAAUUGUGUCAUGAACUAUGAUUAAUUUCAUUUUAUGGAUUGUUGGUUCAAUUGUAUACAAUAAAGAAUACAAUAAUAUUGGAAAAUGUAAGACCUCUAGACAAUUGCUUUUUUAACAUCUGAAACUUCCUAAAAACACAUAAAAUACUAAAAUGUCCUCAGCAGUAGUUAACUACCGCUGACUUAUAACUAGAAAACUGACGGUAGUUAACUACCGCUGGGCUUUUUAGUCUUUUUCAUGUGUUUCUAGAAAAUAUUCAAUGUCAGAACAACAGCCAUCAGACCUCUAACCUCAUCUAAAAAUUUAUAGUAUGAGAGUCUAUUCAUUUGGGUUAUCCACCAAUUUAUCCAUGCACCUAGCCCAAUAGUACUAGGUGUGAUGGAGUGUGUUGAAAAAAACCAAGUCACGCAUUGAAAAUAGAUAAACCAUUUAUUUGUUUUCGUGUUUGUACAUCAAUAUCCAUAUGUUUUUUGUGAAGCUACUACUCUCAACAGCUUCGUAAAAAUCAUGUCAAAUGGUCAAUGGGACGUGAUAAUUUUGGUCCAACUGCCAAACCAAACAACCACAAAGUUUUUAAGAGUGUCACUUCUCACCUUAUUAAUCAUAGAGAUGAGUUGGACCCAAUAGAAAAAAAAAAAAAUCAUAUUUUGUGAUUUCACAUAAGCUUGAGUUUAAGCAAAAUUAACCAAUUCAAAAUAUUUUUCUUCAUAAUCUUUAGGACACUAGACACAUAUAAAUGCAAGCAUUUUUUUUAAUGUUUUAUAGUGAUCUAUAAUGCAUAAACAAGGUAUGAAUUUCUUACCUGACCAACAAGGCCAGUGUCCAUCAUCCACUCCCAAGGGAUAUGAAAAUUCCUAUAUUUCUUACUUGAACUCUCCCUUAUCCUCUCUUUACUACUUACACUUCCCUCCAACCUGCAAAAUUUUAAAAGCAAAACUUUCAAUUAAUUCUAAGUAUUGCUCAAAAACUUUAGUUAAACUCAACUCUACAAUUUUUGUACAUGCUCGCCUGUCUUGUAAUGCUUGUAUCCUUUUCAGGGCCAUAGAAAUUGGCUCUUUUGGAUUAUCCUCAUAUGAUGAAACUUCUGAUUCAAGAUUCUUUAGUUCUCUAUAGUUACAAGCAGCUUCUCUUAAUGCAUCUACUUUUUGUUCUGGCCAUUGUGGAAAAUGCUUUAAGACUGAUCUUUCAUCUACCAGUGUUGAUAAUUCUCCAUCAAGCCAUUUGAUGAAUGUUUCCACCUCAGAUAUAUCUGCAUAUGAAGCUGAUUCUACUUGUUUGAUUAAGAAACUGAUGAAUUCUUUUUGGCUUUGAACUUCUGAUUUUAUCUGUCAAAAAAAUGUAUCAAGUAUCAAUAAAAGAGUGUUCAUUGUUUUAUAGUUAAAGCCUUGCUUGGAUUGGUUUCUUUGAGCUUAUCUAUUGGAAUAAGUACUUGUGAGAUUAUUUCGGAGAGCUUAUGGAAACAUCUUAUUACAUGUCCAUAAGUUAAUGGAUUUAAAUUGUUUUAUAUGAUUAAUACUUAUGCUAUAAGCAUUAGUUUAAACUGUUUAUCCAAACAGGCCUAAAGAUUUAACAUUAGAAAAUUUUGAAGCUAAAUAUGAGAAGUUUGGAACUAAACUUACAGCUGAAAGAUGUUUUGACCGAUUUUCGAUUUCCUCAAUCAUGUUUCUGGUGAAUGCUACUGCAGGAAUUCCAUUGUGAUGAGUUUUGUUUUCAAUGUUGGCAUCUUUUCGUGUAAGCGAACGAUACAAUUCGAUUACUUCUGGCACACGACGAACUGUUUUCAAACCGAUAGACGAUUUUGAUGGUGUUGGAGGUGGUGGAGGUGCUGCUGUUGGCUGCAUUUUCAUUCCCUUCUCAUUUUUAUGUGAAGGUGAAAAAAGAGUAGAAGCAGGUUUUGGAGGAGGAGUUGGUGGCAAAACUAUUGAUGACUUUUCCUUUCUAGGUGAAGUUGAUGAGUCUUGAAAAUCUUGAUUUUCUGAACUCUUUUCACACAUGAUUGCUUGAAGUGCAGGUUUAAGUGUAUGGUGUGAAUCUGAAUUGUUAUCAUCUAUGGAUUUUUGUAUCUUUUUCCAUAGUAUGGUUUUUCUCUCCAUAUUGUGUGCUUUGAGUGAAAUUAUCUGUGAUUUUAAACGAGAUACUUCUUCUUUAAGUUCUUGGUUUUCUUUCUGUAGUAACUCAUUUCUAGCCAUGUGAAUUUCAAGUCUUUUUUUGAAAGAUGUUGUGAUCUCAGACUCAUUCUCUACCUGCAACAUUUUCUCUCCUUUUUUCACUCUAUAACAUGGUUAUCAAUUUGAUAUCUUGUACACUGAUUUUUGUUAUAUAUUUGGUCUUGUUUUUGAAGUAAGGUUGGUAUGUCUUGGAGUUAAAUAUCCAAGAAUGCCCUCUAUGGUACUAAUAAAGGUAAAUCAUCAUUUAGAUUCUUAAAUAUGUGAGAUGCUUUUAUAAUUGUCUCUGAAUGUAUAUUUUGUUGGUUAGUUUAGUACUCGAAUAUGUCUUUUGUUAUUUGAUCCAUUAAAAUACUGAUAAAAAAUAUGUUUAGGGAUGUUUUAGUAAUUUUGAUAUAUUCAAAAAUAAUAGUGAUAGGGUCUCACAUAUUUCUAAAAAUGAAUGUUUACACUAUUAAUAGUGACCUUAUGGGCCUAUUGGGAACAAUGGUAUUGAUAGAGUAAUUUGGACAUUUCACAUAAAUUUAAUGCUAUUUGACAUGAAGAUUAAUUAUGAUGCCUUUGUAAGAAAAUUUAUAAGUGAUUGAAGAUUACUUUGGUUUGCUGGCAGCAAUAGUAUGUGAAAGCUGCCUUUAGAGUGUCAUGUUAGGUACAACAUUAAAUAUGUUGGUCAAAUUUAAUGCUAUUGUUUCUAGAUUAAUCUAUGUGAGGUGAGAGAUUUCUUGCUCUCUAAUUUGUUAUUAUGUCAAAACUUUUUUAGGUUAGUGGUACAUCUAUAGUGUAGAAGUUGUUUAAGUGAGGUUUUAGUUAGUAUAUAUGCUUGUCUCAUUUCUACUUUGAAUCUUGUUCCCUUUUCUUCAAUUGAAUUUGAUUUAGAAUUCAUAAGUUAUAGUACAUGUGAUGUGGUCCAAAAAAACUAGUCGGUAUACUGAAUGGUUGAAAGUCCUAACUUACCUAGAUGGAACUCUUUUUCAAUGUGUUUGGUUUCAAUGUGGAAAGUAUUAACAAUGACUUUAUUUUCCCCUUAUGUCAAACAUCAUUGUAGUUUUGUGUAAGGAUGAAAAUCAAUUCUUAGACAAGUUGAGAUAUUGCACAUGUGUUAUUUUUUUUAGAUUGAUUCUGAUAAAGCAUAUGUUUGUUUUCGCAGUAGAAAAUUGAUUGAGGUGUGUUAUCUUUUAAACUAGGGUUUGUAGCUUCAACGUAUAAUUUUUUUAUCUCACUUUAAAUAUCAUAACCAAACACAAAUAAUUUUUUUUUCAUAUUAUGAAAAUCAAUUCUAACACAAAGAAACUUAUUUUUUGAGUAAAAAGAAUUAAAUAUAAACUAAUUUGUUGCUCCUUCAAACACAAUAUAGCUUCAUUGUGAUAGUUGUCUUUCAUUUCACACUGAUUACACUUCUUGUAGUUGAGUGGCAUUUGGCUUAUUCUUUGCUUGUGAAACAAUGAAAAGAGUGGUAGGAAAAAUGUGUCUCAUUCAGUGAUGUUUAUUGAAGAGUAAAUAUUUUCAUAAUGACUACUACGUCAUACCAAACCAGAUUCUUAUGAUAUUUACAUUUUUAUAUUUUUUUUGUUUUAUUUUUUAAUUUAAUAUGUUGUUUCAAAGCCUCUUCUAAACUCUUUUAUUUUUCUUUCAUCCUACUCCUUCUAUAGUUGAACAUUACCACCCCUACACACCGAAAGUGUGAAUUUGAUGUAGAUUGGUUUUCUGUGACAUGUUGAGGCCUACUAUACUUUAGGUGAAGAACGUGACUAAAUUUUUCAAGUUUAAAGUGUUGUUCAAACUUUCAUAACAAAUCAUUUUUUCAUCUCUUGAAUCUUGAUUAAAUCUUGGUAUCCGACCUAAUAGUUGAUUAACUCGAAAGGUCUAAUCUAAUUGUUCAUUUGUGGAGGCCAUUUAAACACACACAAAAUUGAGAGGUUCUUAUAAUAUUUUAGACAUUCAUUCAAAAUUUCUAAUGAUACACAUGAAUCGACUUAAAAGCAGAGACCAAAAGUAGCAAUGUAAAACUUUUGGAGAACCAAAACUCUAAAAAAAAAAUUAAAGGGACUAAAAAGAAAAGAUAGAAUAUUAGUAGGGACCAAAAAAUGUUUAGCCCAAAAAUAAAAUAAUGUUAAUUGAAAGACAUUUUAAGAAUAACAUUGUUAAAUAAAGUAAAACUAACAUAACAAUUUAUAUACCAACAAUUGGUAUUUAAAAAAAUAUUAAGUAAAAAUAAUUAGUUUUCAACCUUUUUCAGAUGUAAUUUUAUUUUAGCAAUUUCUUUUUCCACACUACUUUAUUAUCACGCGUCCUACUGAAUUCUGAAAAUACCUCCGUUCGGAUUAUAUAGUCUGAAUGAUUUUUUGAAGGUUUUCAUAUUAUAAAAUUUGAAACCUCUAAAAAUCCAGAAAAAAUACAGAAUUUUGCACUGAUUCAUCCAAAACGUGUAAAUGUACAGUUUGAAAAAUACUAUCUGAAAACUCUAAUAAUAUUUCAUAUUACAUAUUCAGAAUUGUGUCAAACUCCCAAAAGACCAUUUCAAAGAUAAAUUACAGUGUAUGAUAAUGAAAUUUAACCAACAGGUUAACAAAAUCGCAAUGAGAAGACACAAAGCAGAAUUGAAUCAAAGAAAUUGAGAUGGAGGAAAGACCCAAUCCAAGAAGAAGACAGCAAAGAAAAUUGAAUGUAUUUUCUAUAGAAAGUGAAUAGAGAGAAAGAAAAAAAAAAAAAAAAAAAAAAAAGCUAGAAUGCAAAAGAAAGGGGAAAAAGAGAAAAUUGGAUUUUCUCAAGAAAAUGCAGCGGAAAAUAUCUUUUAAGGUGGAUACCAGAUUAGCUCUUAUACCAUGUUAUAAAACAUGAUAUACAUAGAAGGAACAAGAGAAAACUCAAAAAAUCUUUCUAUUUAUGAUAAAUGUAAAUGUUACAAAUGAUAAGAGAGACAUCUCAAAAAAGAGAAUAGAUGGACUAGUGAGUAAAUGAAAUAAUAGCAUAGUGGAUAUUUUUCCUUAAAAAAAAGCAUAGUGGAUAUUUUCUUAUUAAUCAAAGUUUUCCUUAAUCUGAACUUUGUUUUAGGAGACCUUAAUUUGUACUUAUAAAACUAUUUUGAAAGACAUGUAUUUUGAAGAGAGGGAGUAGGUGAUAAUGUAAGCAUUGAAUGCAGUUUGAACAAGUCAAAGACAAAGUGUGUUUGGUGGGGAAUGUAAUGUUAUGAGGGAAUUCAAAUAUUUUGCGGUGAAUUUUAUGUUUGGAUAAUAAUUUGAAGAAUUUUCAAAAUGAUGGGAAUUUAUGAAGUAUUUUGUUCAAGUUCAAUUUAAAGAAUUUCAAAUGACACCUCAAUUUAGGUGAAUUUCAAAUGAUUGAAAUUUGACCUCAAUUUUUUCAAAAUUUUCAAUUUGACCUCAAUAAAUUUCCAAAAAAUUAUAAAUUGACCCCUUAAAUUUUUCAAAAAUUAUAAUUUGACCCCUCAAAAAUUUUUAAAUUUACAAAUUGACCCCUAAUUUUAAUUUUCAAAUUUGGCCCAAAAUUUAUAAAAUUUAUAGAAAUUUUUUAUUACUCCACCCAAACAAAAGUAUUGAAAAAUGAAAGAAAUUUAAUCGAAUCAUUUAAAUUGCCUAAAAUUUAAAUUCUUUAAAAUUGUAUAAAAAUACUUGUACAAAUAUAAUUUCUUUAGACGUUAUUGAGGUUCACAUUAUUCAUCUAUGUAGCAACCAAUUUUGAUGUCUUUGAGACAAUUACAUAACAUGAGUACCAUUGAAACUCUCUUUUAAACUCUCUCUAACACUCACUAUUUUAUUUAAUGAGAUCGAUAUGUGUUCUACACUUUAAAAAUAGGUCAUACCUAAAUGGCGAAAAAAACUCGUGAGUUUCACAAAAUAAAAGAGUGAAUGUUGAAAAGAUAGUGUUCCAAAAACUUCUCAUUAAAUAACACCUUACAAAAUCUAAAUCAAAGUUAUUAUAGAGGCUCAAUCAAAACUCAUCCCAACAAUUGUACAAUCCAGUAGUAUCUAAUAAAUGUGUGAUGUAAAACUAGAUUGUUUAUUGGUGUUCAAGUAUGAAAACAAAGAAAAUGAGACAAAGAAAGUCAAUAAUGGACCCACAAUGAUAAAUUUGUGAUUGAAAAUCUGUGUCCUACAAACAUCCCAAUCUCCUAAUCCUAAUGGAACCUUGCAAGUUGCAUCAAUUAUUGAAUUUUGUAUAUACCAAUUACAUUUUUUCUCACCGUUCUUCUUUUUACUACAACACUUCUCAUAUUUUCAACUCUUUCUUUUCUGAAAAAAAAAUGGCUGAAGCUUUACUUGGUGUUGUGUUUGAAAAUCUACUAUCUCUUGUUCAAAAUGAAUUUGCAACCAUUUCUGGAAUCAAGUCCAAGGCUCUAAAGCUAUCAACCACCUUAGAUUUGAUCAAGGCCGUUCUUGAAGAUGCUGAGAAGAAACAAAUAACAGACCGCUCUAUAAAGGUAUGGCUUCAACAACUCAAAGAUGCAAUCUACAUACUAGAUGAUAUUCUUGAUGAGUGUUCCAUUCAAUCCACUCGACAAAAGGGCAUAUCUUCUUUUACAUUAAAGAAUAUCAUGUUUCGCCAUAAAAUUGGCACUAGGUUUAAAGAAAUUACAAACAGAUUCGAUGAUAUUGCUGAAAGUAAAAACAAGUUUCUUCUACAAGAAUGUGUUGCUGUUAGGGAAAGGUCAAUCAAUGUGGCUGAAUGGCGUCAAACUAGCUCUAUUAUUGCUGAACCAAAAGUAUAUGGUCGAGAAGAUGAUAAAGAGAAGAUUGUCGAGUUUCUUCUCACCCAAGCAAAGGGCUCUGACCUCCUUUCCAUCUAUCCAAUUGUUGGCUUAGGUGGUAUUGGGAAAACAACUCUUGCUCAAUUAGUUUAUAAUGAUCACCGGGUGAGUGACAAUUUUGAUACAAAAAUUUGGGUUUGUGUUUCUGAGGCUUUCUCUGUUAACAAAAUUUUGUGUACUAUUAUAGAAUCUUUUUCAAGAGAAAAGUGUGAUGCCUUAGAUUUAGAUGUUAUACAACGACAAGUGCAAGAAUUGUUGGAAGGUAAAAGAUAUUUGCUUGUUUUGGAUGAUGUGUGGAACAGAAAUCAAGAACUGGAAUUUGGAUUAAGCCAAGAGAAAUGGAAUAAGUUGAAAUCCGUGUUGUCAACUGGAUCCAAAGGUUCAUCCAUUUUAGUCUCCACUCGUGAUAAGGAUGUUGCUGAGAUCAUGGGAACAUGCCAAGCUCAUCAUUUGUCUGGUCUAUCUGAAUAUGAAUGUUGGUUGUUGUUCAAACAAUAUGCAUUUCGACAUGAUAGAGAGCAGCAGACUGAGCUUGUCACAAUAGGAAAAGAGAUAGUAAAGAAGUGUGGGGGAUUGCCUCUUGCAGCACAAGCAUUGGGAGGCCUAAUGUGCUCAAGGAGUGGAGAAAAAGAAUGGCUUGAAAUUAAAGAUAGCAGGAUUUGGUCUUUACCGAAUGAGAAUUCUAUUUUGCCUGCUUUAAGGUUGAGCUACUUUCAUUUAAACCCAACCUUAAAACAAUGUUUCACUUUUUGUGCCAUGUUUCCCAAAGAUAUAGAAAUCAUGAAGGGAGAUUUAAUUCAUCUCUGGAUCGCCAACGGAUUUAUAUCAUCAAGGGAAAAUUUAGAGGUAGAAGAUGUUGGAAAUAUGAUUUGGAAUGAAUUGUGCCAAAAGUCAUUUUUCCAAGAAAUCAAGAUGGUCGAUGAUUCAGGAGGCAUUUCUUUCAAGUUGCAUGAUCUUGUCCAUGAUCUUGCUCAAUCAAUUAUAGGAUCGGAGUGUUUGAUUUUGGACAAUACAAACAUAACUGACCUGUCAAGAAGCACACACCAUAUUGGUUUAGUAUCUGCAACACCGUCAUUAUUUGACAAGGGUGCUUUCACAAAAGUUGAAUCGUUGCGAACAUUGUUUCAGAUAGGUUUUUACACCACAAGAUUUUAUGAUUACUUCCCAACCUCUAUACGGGUUUUACGCACAAACUCUUCCAAUUUAUCAUCGCUAAGUAAUUUAAUUCAUUUGAGGUACUUGGAGCUGUUCGAUUUCCAUGACAUAAAAACCCUACCUGACUCAAUUUAUAGCUUGCGUAAUUUGGAAAUCUUGAAACUGAAACAUUUUUCUAAACUUCGUUGUCUACCGGAACACUUGACUUGCUUACAAAAUCUCAGACAUCUUGUUAUUGAAAAUUGUGAUGCAUUGUCCCGUGUGUUCCCUAACAUUGGUAAAUUAUCUUCCCUAAGAACAUUAAGUAAACACAUUGUCCGUUUAGAGAUUGGAUACAGCUUGGCAGAAUUACAUGAUCUAAAGCUAGGGGGAAAACUAAGCAUUACUUGCCUAGAAAAUGUUGGAAGUUUGUCUGAAGCUCGAGAAGCCAAUCUGAUAGAUAAAAAAGAACUUCAGGAAAUAUGCUUCUCAUGGAACAACAGGCGUAAAACCAAGACACCUGCUACUAGCACCGAGGAAAUACUUGAAGUGCUUCAACCUCACUCAAAUCUCAAGAUCUUGAAAAUACAUGGCUAUGACGGAUUGCACCUCCCAUGUUGGAUCCAAAUUCAAAGUAGUUUAGCUGUUCUUAGACUUUCUUAUUGCAAAAACUGUGUGCGGCUUCCAUCACUUGCUAAAUUACCAUCUCUCAAAAAACUCCAAUUAUGGUAUAUGGAUAAUGUGCAGUAUGUGGAUGAUGAAGAAUCAAGCGAUGGUGUGGAGGUUAGGGGUUUCCCAUCUCUGGAGGAGCUGCUUUUAGGUAAUUUACCUAACUUGGAACGGUUGUUGAAAGUGGAAACAGGGGAGAUUUUUCCCCGCCUUUCUAAGUUGGCCAUCGUUGGUUGCCCUAAACUUGGGUUGCCACACCUUUCAUCGUUUAAAGAACUCAUUGUAGAUGGAUGUAACAAUGAGUUGCUGGAGUCAAUCUCUAGUUUCUACGGCCUAACUACCCUUGAGAUUAAUAGAGGUGAAGAUGUGACAUAUUUUCCAAAAGGGAUGUUGAAAAACCUGACCUGUCUUCGAACUUUGGAAAUAUCUGAUUUCCCAAAAGUGAAAGCAUUGCCAAGUGAAGCCUUCAACCUAGCUUUGGAGCAUCUUGGUAUCCAUCACUGUUGUGAGCUUGACUCAUUACCAGAACAACUUUUUGAAGGUCUACGAUCCCUUCGAACCAUGGAGAUUGCUUUCUGUGAAAGAUUGAGAUGCUUGCCAGAAGGUAUUCGCCACCUCACAUCACUUGAGGUUCUGACAGUUUAUGGUUGCCCAGCUGUAGCAGAGCGAUGUAAGGAAGAAAUAGGAGAGGACUGGGACAUGAUAGAACACAUUCCAAAAUUAUCUAUUAAUUAGAUUGAAGAAGAAGAAACUUUUGACCAACAUUGAUUCCAUUACAAUAUGCCAAAUAAUAUAGAAUCAUUUGUAUAUUAAGACCAUGUAUAUUCCAAUCACUGCAAUAUUCCAAAUAAUAUAGUUGAUGGCUACUUUGGGAGUGCGACAAGUUUUUAAAAUGACAAUUGGUUUUCUUUUUCAAACAUUAUCGUUAUUAAUUACCUUAUUUGCUAAUUCUGAACUAUAGUUUCUAUAAUGUCAGGUGCUGGUUAUGUUAGACAUUAGUAAGGGAACAUUAAGUUCACUAUAAAUACAAUUUUUAUACAACAAGAUCAGAUGAAAUUUUCAUGAAAGGGUUAACUUGAGAAUAACCGUACAAUCUAAUUACAUCAUAAAUAUAUACAUGAAAAUAGAGAAUAUUUACAUUUACAUAGAAGAAAAUAAAGGAAAUAACAUCUCAAUAAAUAUAAAUGAAGUAUUUUAAUGAUUGUGUCAUAUCUCAGUAGCUACAUUUCAACAAAAGUACAAGUAUAUAUAUUCUACUUUUUGAAACACUUUUUGAAUUACAUUCUUAGAUACAGAAUCAAAGACUCUUUAGAGAUCAAUGAUGAAAAACCUAGAACCUAAUGAUCUUGAUCAUUGGCUAGUAGAAGUCAUUGUUAAUGUUUAUGACCAACAUUUACAAACUAAAUCUAUUCUUUUCUAUGCAAAUAUCUCAGUAUAAGGUUAGAGUUAUACAUGGUAAACCAUACCGACUUCUAGCAAAGAAGUAUGAACUACUUCCAACAUAAUAUCAGGUUCUCUGCAAUUUUUGCUUAGAAAAGCAUAAACAACAUCUAUUCCAAAUUUCUUUAAAAUGGAAGAUGAUUUUUUUGCCUCUGCAUAGGAAUGCCCAACUAUAUAAGUAAUACCUGAUUCUUUGGCUUUUAAAAUCUGCAAUGACUCGACUUUAUAGGACUCGUCUUGAAGUUGUUGGCCGUCACAUGAAAAUGCUAAAGAAUUCUUUUCAGAAUGUGACCAAUUCAAUUUCAAAGUGUGUUGUGAAGCACCAAGAUCUUCCGCAUUUAAGUUUCUUCCAUCAUCUAUAGUCAAUUCAUUUGUUUGUUCUUGAACACAGUCUUCUGAUUCUAUAAACUGUAUUAUUGCAGAUACCAAUUUAUUAUCAAAAUUGUAAUUCUCUUGUUGUAUGUCUUUGUAACCGUAUCGGACAAUGCACCGAAACAUGUAGAACUCCUUCGGACCAAUCCUGCUGAUGACUAAUCUUUCACUUUCACUGACAUAAGGAACUUGAACUGAUUUAGCACAUACAAAAACUAACACCUGAUGGAAUGCUGGUAAAUUUGUAAUAAAAUGACCAAAAAUAGCCGGGAUACCGGAAGCAAGAUUAGUGAAAAUGAGACCGAUUCCUGGGACACGGACCAUGCCUAAACAAGGUCCUAAUGAUAACAUCUUGCUCAUCGAGACCUUGUUUUCAACAUCAAAUUUGUGUUUCUUCAUUGUUCCAUAAUUCCAUGUGAACAUUAUGGCCAUAAAAAUGAAAGAGAGCGAAAUUGGGAUCCAUCCUCCUUCAGGGAUUUUGCAGACAGAAGCUGAGAUGUAAAGAAGUUCAAUAGAUCCAAACAAUAGGAAACAUGUAAGUGCUUUUAUUAUCCCUUGUUUCCAAACAAUUAUAAUUAUUAGCGUCAUCAAACAUGUUGUCACAAACAUAACAGUGGUGAUAGCCAACCCUGGAAACCAAGAAAAAUAGUUUAAAUUUAGUUUUCAAUACUUCAAGUAUCAUAUAAUAAGUAAACUUAAGAGUAAACAGUCAUUUUCCCUAAAUGUAUGAAGCUUAAUCACAAUAGCAACGAUUGUAUCCGAAUUACAAAAUUAUCCCUAAAGCGUCUUUUGUCUGUAAUUUUAUGGACCAAAUUGACUACUUGAUGAUAGAUUCUAGAACUAUACUAAUUAAUGGAAGAUACAUUUGAUGAUGAAACGGACUAAUGAAAGACAAGUUUAUGUAGUUUUUUAUUUUAUUUUUAUAAUUUGAUACAUUAGAGACUAUUGUGACAUCGCCUCACAUAUUUUAGGAUAAAAAUGAUUGAUUAAUCUAAACACAAUGGAAAAGGAUAUCAUACCAUAUGCAUGACCCAUCAUGUUUGUAUCCCUAAGGCCAAUUGUGACAGCUAAACAAAGGCACAUUAAUAUCCAAUUGACUUCUGGAACAUAAAUCUGUCCAUAUAUUUUGCUAGAAGUAUGAACAAUCUUGACUCGAGGAAAACAAUUUAAUGCACAGCAUUGGCUUAUGAUGGAAAAAGUUGCAGAAAUCACUGCUUGACUUCCUACAACAGCAGCAAAAGUGGCCACUAUAAAAACUGGCCAAAAUACAGCUUCUGCAGAAAAAUAGUAGCACUGUUACCCUAGAGUUAUCAUAAAUAAUAUCGAUAUAUUUGUGGUUUAUUAAAGUGAAUUCUUGCCUGGUAUGGCUUUGUAGAAACUUCUCUCAAUGUCAUAAUGGUGCUUAGAGAGAAAUGCAGCCUCACCCAUAUAUGCCAAAAUCAGGCAGGGAUAUACUAAACAUGUGAAAGCUAUCUGAGAUUUACGUGUAACUGUUAAAUCAGAUUUCAUUUUUGUAUGCUAAACUAAUAUACUUGUGAUCAAUAUUGUUAAUUAUUGUAUACUUUUAAUUUACCUUUAUUGAGAGUGCAGAAAAAUGACCCAUGUCAGCAUACAUUGUCUCCACACCUGCGACAGUAUCACGUAGGAAAAUUAAUCUCAUAGCUCUUUAGCUGCAAGAGAAAUGAUAUUUUGUACAACCAAAUUUAGACAAUUUUUGUGACUUUUUUUAAGUGUUCAAAUAGGUGAUUAAUUACGUUUAGUAUAUGAUUAAUAGAUAUAUCAGGUGUCAAAACUUAUUAACCACCAACAUAACUUCAUCAACCACAAAUUUGGAAGUGGUUAGCCAUAAUUUUCAGUUAAGUACAUACAAAUUUAUGGUUAAUGCUGUUACAUUGAUAGUCAAUGAGUUUUCACAUAUAGUAUAUCCAUGAACCACCUACUGAACGCAAUUAACCACUUAUUUGAAGUGUGUUAACCACUUAAAAAGUUGUUGCGAAAAUUGUCUGAAUUUGGUUGUUCAAAUAACACAAGCUAGACAACUGUAAUAAAAUUGACUAACUUAUAUUACCUGUUAUCGAAAGCACAACUCCACUUAAUGACAACCAUCCUUCGAUGCCAGUGGUUUUGAGAAACCUAAACAUAUAGACUGGAGAAAGUGCACGAUAUACUUGUCGGUUCCAUUGGAAAAUAUUGUAUAUACCAAUACCACUGAUACACAAAAGCCAUGCUGCAACAACUGGGGCAAACAUGAAGGCAACUCUAUGUGUUCCAUGAUGCUGAAUGGAGAAAAGGCCAACUAAAAUGAUACAUGAGACUAUAACAACAUAAUCUGCGCAAUACAUAGUGUAGAGUUUCAAAAUUAUGCAUUGAAUAGACAUAAUGGUAAUGAUCGAAGUUCGGUUGGCUUACUGUCAUGGAGUUGGUUGAUCUUAACUUGAACUCCUGAAACUGCUGAAAAUACUGAAAUGAGACAUGAGAAGGAUGGUCAUAGAUCGAAAAGGAUAAACAGUACAAUUAUUUAUUCUCUGUAAACACCGAAAUACUAUAAUGAUCAACUCUUGAAUCAGUAUAUUCUCUGUAAACAGUACAGUUAUUUAUUCUGAAAUGUACUUUUGUCUAAUCACAUUAAUGAUGAAUAAUGAAUUCUAGCAAUUAGUAAUCAGCUAAAGCUAUAAUUUAAGGAAUGCAUGUGUGUAUCUGUGACAUUGCCAAUGUUGUAUAACAUAGUUCAUUUUGGUUCAAAUAUUAUGUUUAGUCCCUGCAAAAUCAAAUGUUGUCAGUUCAAAUAUUAUGUUUAAAAAAGCUGAUGUUGUGGACCGAGGUACACACCAUCAUUUCCAUGUAGAUGACAAUGCCACAUGUCAACACCACAUUGGAUGAUAGUGACAUAUAGCAUGGCCACACGAAGCUGAUAUGCCAUGUCUAACUCCUCGUUUUUACUGACGUGUUCUAUUAGUGUUUGAUGUGUGUCACUAUUAUCCAAUGUGGUGUUGAAACAUGACAUAGUCAUCCUACAUGGGAAGGAUGUCAUUUAGUCGUAUUUGCCACAUCAGAUAUUUUAAAUAGAAAGUUGACACUACGGACAAAAAACAAAUACAUGAUUCUGUAAGGAUGAAAAGAAAGAGAAAGAAAAAAAAAAGGUAUUUAUAGGGACUAAAACCAAAAUUUGCUCUAUUUAUGGGGACAGAACACAUAUUCAAACCAUUCUGUUUUUUAUAAGACCAAACUCCCUUUUACUUGUACAACAAGUAACCCAUAGAUUAACAGAAGGGAUGCUCCUGAUCAAAGUACCUGAUAUUGCAGGAGUAAUCACACCAUCACCAAUUGUCAUGCAAGUUCCCAACAAAACAAAGAUUAACAGUCCUUUCUGGAAUCUAGGAUGCUUUUCAAAGAACAGCUUCAAAAGAGAAGAUUGCCAUGUAUCGGCAGAAUCUUCUGUUGAAUAAGCAGAUAAAGUCUCAUCUGUUGGUUGCUGAUUAGGCAAAAUGCUUAGUCUUGCAUGUCUGCAGAGAAGUGAGUAUAAUGCAAAUGUGCCUCCUGCAGUAAAAUAAGGAACAUAAGAAAGAAAUUCUUAGAUGCUCAUGAACCAAAGAGAUUGAUCUUGAUUUCUACCAAUGGUUUCUUAUAUAACAAAAUUAUAACAAUGUGUUCCCUUUUUAUUUUUUGUUUUAAAAUAGUCCCUUAUUUUACAAAUGUUACAUUAAAUUUAUCCAUUUUAAAUUUUAAAACUAUCCAUUAUUGUCCCAUAAGUCCUAGCUCAACCGGUGAAAAUGCCGAAAUUGUUAGGCCGGACAUCAUGAUCGAGAUUCGAACCCCGGCACCUCCACUUUGUGUGUGUGAGUUUACGAUGGCUUUACCAUUUCUUCUAUCUACCAAAAAAAAAACUACUCAUUAUUUUGUAAAAGCUAUACCAAGGUGGUCCUCUCUGUAAAACAAAGAACAAUUUCAUUACCAAAAAUACCAAAAGAAAAUUGAAAUCUAAAAUAAAGAUAAGGAACCAAAAUUAUUUAGUCUAAAAUUAAUCUUCAAAUAUUUAUCUGUUAAUUAAGUAAUCAUAGUAGACAUCAUGACAGAGAAGGAAAAUUAUGGCUCAAAAUAAUUAUAUAAAGUCAAAAAGAACAAAUAACAGAAUAUACAAUGCUUCUGAGUUCUGUCAUCAUUUUAUUCAUUUGGUAAAGCCAAAAAAACAUCCAAAUAUCCUUUAUGGGAGUUUUGGCUGAAUAAUAAUGUGAUUAUAAAAAUAAUUGAGUUGACUUAAUCAACUUAAAAGCCAAAGGAACUGAAAAGAUACACACCAAAAGUACCAACAUCAAUGAUUGAAGAUUGUACCUUCUCCAUUAUCAUCAGCAGACAUGACAAUGAAAACAUAUUUGAAGAGAGCAAUAAUAGUAAAUGUCCAAAAGAUAAAUGAAAGCACUCCAAAAAUUUCUUCAUCAUCUUCUUUAAGGCUCAAUUUCCCUGAGAAUGAGGUCUUGUAUACAUAAAGAGGAGAAGUACUUAGGUCACCAUAAACUACUCCAAGACUUUGGUAUGCUAGAGUCAGCACAUUUAAACAAGAUGUCCUCUUUAAAUUCUGAUACAUGAAAUGAAACCAAGCAUAAGCUUNNNNNNNNNNNNNNNNNNNNNNNNNNNNNNNNNNNNNNNNNNNNNNNNNNNNNNNNNNNNNNNNNNNNNNNNNNNNNNNNNNNNNNNNNNNNNNNNNNNNNNNNNNNNNNNNNNNNNNNNNNNNNNNNNNNNNNNNNNNNNNNNNNNNNNNNNNNNNNNNNNNNNNNNNNNNNNNNNNNNNNNNNNNNNNNNNNNNNNNNNNNNNNNNNNNNNNNNNNNNNNNNNNNNNNNNNNNNNNNNNNNNNNNNNNNNNNNNNNNNNNNNNNNNNNNNNNNNNNNNNNNNNNNNNNNNNNNNNNNNNNNNNNNNNNNNNNNNNNNNNNNNNNNNNNNNNNNNNNNNNNNNNNNNNNNNNNNNNNNNNNNNNNNNNNNNNNNNNNNNNNNNNNNNNNNNNNNNNNNNNNNNNNNNNNNNNNNNNNNNNNNNNNNNNNNNNNNNNNNNNNNNNNNNNNNNNNNNNNNNNNNNNNNNNNNNNNNNNNNNNNNNNNNNNNNNNNNNNNNNNNNNNNNNNNNNNNNNNNNNNNNNNNNNNNNNNNNNNNNNNNNNNNNNNNNNNNNNNNNNNNNNNNNNNNNNNNNNNNNNNNNNNNNNNNNNNNNNNNNNNNNNNNNNNNNNNNNNNNNNNNNNNNNNNNNNNNNNNNNNNNNNNNNNNNNNNNNNNNNNNNNNNNNNNNNNNNNNNNNNNNNNNNNNNNNNNNNNNNNNNNNNNNNNNNNNNNNNNNNNNNNNNNNNNNNNNNNNNNNNNNNNNNNNNNNNNNNNNNNNNNNNNNNNNNNNNNNNNNNNNNNNNNNNNNNNNNNNNNNNNNNNNNNNNNNNNNNNNNNNNNNNNNNNNNNNNNNNNNNNNNNNNNNNNNNNNNNNNNNNNNNNNNNNNNNNNNNNNNNNNNNNNNNNNNNNNNNNNNNNNNNNNNNNNNNNNNNNNNNNNNNNNNNNNNNNNNNNNNNNNNNNNNNNNNNNNNNNNNNNNNNNNNNNNNNNNNNNNNNNNNNNNNNNNNNNNNNNNNNNNNNNNNNNNNNNNNNNNNNNNNNNNNNNNNNNNNNNNNNNNNNNNNNNNNNNNNNNNNNNNNNNNNNNNNNNNNNNNNNNNNNNNNNNNNNNNNNNNNNNNNNNNNNNNNNNNNNNNNNNNNNNNNNNNNNNNNNNNNNNNNNNNNNNNNNNNNNNNNNNNNNNNNNNNNNNNNNNNNNNNNNNNNNNNNNNNNNNNNNNNNNNNNNNNNNNNNNNNNNNNNNNNNNNNNNNNNNNNNNNNNNNNNNNNNNNNNNNNNNNNNNNNNNNNNNNNNNNNNNNNNNNNNNNNNNNNNNNNNNNNNNNNNNNNNNNNNNNNNNNNNNNNNNNNNNNNNNNNNNNNNNNNNNNNNNNNNNNNNNNNNNNNNNNNNNNNNNNNNNNNNNNNNNNNNNNNNNNNNNNNNNNNNNNNNNNNNNNNNNNNNNNNNNNNNNNNNNNNNNNNNNNNNNNNNNNNNNNNNNNNNNNNNNNNNNNNNNNNNNNNNNNNNNNNNNNNNNNNNNNNNNNNNNNNNNNNNNNNNNNNNNNNNNNNNNNNNNNNNNNNNNNNNNNNNNNNNNNNNNNNNNNNNNNNNNNNNNNNNNNNNNNNNNNNNNNNNNNNNNNNNNNNNNNNNNNNNNNNNNNNNNNNNNNNNNNNNNNNNNNNNNNNNNNNNNNNNNNNNNNNNNNNNNNNNNNNNNNNNNNNNNNNNNNNNNNNNNNNNNNNNNNNNNNNNNNNNNNNNNNNNNNNNNNNNNNNNNNNNNNNNNNNNNNNNNNNNNNNNNNNNNNNNNNNNNNNNNNNNNNNNNNNNNNNNNNNNNNNNNNNNNNNNNNNNNNNNNNNNNNNNNNNNNNNNNNNNNNNNNNNNNNNNNNNNNNNNNNNNNNNNNNNNNNNNNNNNNNNNNNNNNNNNNNNNNNNNNNNNNNNNNNNNNNNNNNNNNNNNNNNNNNNNNNNNNNNNNNNNNNNNNNNNNNNNNNNNNNNNNNNNNNNNNNNNNNNNNNNNNNNNNNNNNNNNNNNNNNNNNNNNNNNNNNNNNNNNNNNNNNNNNNNNNNNNNNNNNNNNNNNNNNNNNNNNNNNNNNNNNNNNNNNNNNNNNNNNNNNNNNNNNNNNNNNNNNNNNNNNNNNNNNNNNNNNNNNNNNNNNNNNNNNNNNNNNNNNNNNNNNNNNNNNNNNNNNNNNNNNNNNNNNNNNNNNNNNNNNNNNNNNNNNNNNNNNNNNNNNNNNNNNNNNNNNNNNNNNNNNNNNNNNNNNNNNNNNNNNNNNNNNNNNNNNNNNNNNNNNNNNNNNNNNNNNNNNNNNNNNNNNNNNNNNNNNNNNNNNNNNNNNNNNNNNNNNNNNNNNNNNNNNNNNNNNNNNNNNNNNNNNNNNNNNNNNNNNNNNNNNNNNNNNNNNNNNNNNNNNNNNNNNNNNNNNNNNNNNNNNNNNNNNNNNNNNNNNNNNNNNNNNNNNNNNNNNNNNNNNNNNNNNNNNNNNNNNNNNNNNNNNNNNNNNNNNNNNNNNNNNNNNNNNNNNNNNNNNNNNNNNNNNNNNNNNNNNNNNNNNNNNNNNNNNNNNNNNNNNNNNNNNNNNNNNNNNNNNNNNNNNNNNNNNNNNNNNNNNNNNNNNNNNNNNNNNNNNNNNNNNNNNNNNNNNNNNNNNNNNNNNNNNNNNNNNNNNNNNNNNNNNNNNNNNNNNNNNNNNNNNNNNNNNNNNNNNNNNNNNNNNNNNNNNNNNNNNNNNNNNNNNNNNNNNNNNNNNNNNNNNNNNNNNNNNNNNNNNNNNNNNNNNNNNNNNNNNNNNNNNNNNNNNNNNNNNNNNNNNNNNNNNNNNNNNNNNNNNNNNNNNNNNNNNNNNNNNNNNNNNNNNNNNNNNNNNNNNNNNNNNNNNNNNNNNNNNNNNNNNNNNNNNNNNNNNNNNNNNNNNNNNNNNNNNNNNNNNNNNNNNNNNNNNNNNNNNNNNNNNNNNNNNNNNNNNNNNNNNNNNNNNNNNNNNNNNNNNNNNNNNNNNNNNNNNNNNNNNNNNNNNNNNNNNNNNNNNNNNNNNNNNNNNNNNNNNNNNNNNNNNNNNNNNNNNNNNNNNNNNNNNNNNNNNNNNNNNNNNNNNNNNNNNNNNNNNNNNNNNNNNNNNNNNNNNNNNNNNNNNNNNNNNNNNNNNNNNNNNNNNNNNNNNNNNNNNNNNNNNNNNNNNNNNNNNNNNNNNNNNNNNNNNNNNNNNNNNNNNNNNNNNNNNNNNNNNNNNNNNNNNNNNNNNNNNNNNNNNNNNNNNNNNNNNNNNNNNNNNNNNNNNNNNNNNNNNNNNNNNNNNNNNNNNNNNNNNNNNNNNNNNNNNNNNNNNNNNNNNNNNNNNNNNNNNNNNNNNNNNNNNNNNNNNNNNNNNNNNNNNNNNNNNNNNNNNNNNNNNNNNNNNNNNNNNNNNNNNNNNNNNNNNNNNNNNNNNNNNNNNNNNNNNNNNNNNNNNNNNNNNNNNNNNNNNNNNNNNNNNNNNNNNNNNNNNNNNNNNNNNNNNNNNNNNNNNNNNNNNNNNNNNNNNNNNNNNNNNNNNNNNNNNNNNNNNNNNNNNNNNNNNNNNNNNNNNNNNNNNNNNNNNNNNNNNNNNNNNNNNNNNNNNNNNNNNNNNNNNNNNNNNNNNNNNNNNNNNNNNNNNNNNNNNNNNNNNNNNNNNNNNNNNNNNNNNNNNNNNNNNNNNNNNNNNNNNNNNNNNNNNNNNNNNNNNNNNNNNNNNNNNNNNNNNNNNNNNNNNNNNNNNNNNNNNNNNNNNNNNNNNNNNNNNNNNNNNNNNNNNNNNNNNNNNNNNNNNNNNNNNNNNNNNNNNNNNNNNNNNNNNNNNNNNNNNNNNNNNNNNNNNNNNNNNNNNNNNNNNNNNNNNNNNNNNNNNNNNNNNNNNNNNNNNNNNNNNNNNNNNNNNNNNNNNNNNNNNNNNNNNNNNNNNNNNNNNNNNNNNNNNNNNNNNNNNNNNNNNNNNNNNNNNNNNNNNNNNNNNNNNNNNNNNNNNNNNNNNNNNNNNNNNNNNNNNNNNNNNNNNNNNNNNNNNNNNNNNNNNNNNNNNNNNNNNNNNNNNNNNNNNNNNNNNNNNNNNNNNNNNNNNNNNNNNNNNNNNNNNNNNNNNNNNNNNNNNNNNNNNNNNNNNNNNNNNNNNNNNNNNNNNNNNNNNNNNNNNNNNNNNNNNNNNNNNNNNNNNNNNNNNNNNNNNNNNNNNNNNNNNNNNNNNNNNNNNNNNNNNNNNNNNNNNNNNNNNNNNNNNNNNNNNNNNNNNNNNNNNNNNNNNNNNNNNNNNNNNNNNNNNNNNNNNNNNNNNNNNNNNNNNNNNNNNNNNNNNNNNNNNNNNNNNNNNNNNNNNNNNNNNNNNNNNNNNNNNNNNNNNNNNNNNNNNNNNNNNNNNNNNNNNNNNNNNNNNNNNNNNNNNNNNNNNNNNNNNNNNNNNNNNNNNNNNNNNNNNNNNNNNNNNNNNNNNNNNNNNNNNNNNNNNNNNNNNNNNNNNNNNNNNNNNNNNNNNNNNNNNNNNNNNNNNNNNNNNNNNNNNNNNNNNNNNNNNNNNNNNNNNNNNNNNNNNNNNNNNNNNNNNNNNNNNNNNNNNNNNNNNNNNNNNNNNNNNNNNNNNNNNNNNNNNNNNNNNNNNNNNNNNNNNNNNNNNNNNNNNNNNNNNNNNNNNNNNNNNNNNNNNNNNNNNNNNNNNNNNNNNNNNNNNNNNNNNNNNNNNNNNNNNNNNNNNNNNNNNNNNNNNNNNNNNNNNNNNNNNNNNNNNNNNNNNNNNNNNNNNNNNNNNNNNNNNNNNNNNNNNNNNNNNNNNNNNNNNNNNNNNNNNNNNNNNNNNNNNNNNNNNNNNNNNNNNNNNNNNNNNNNNNNNNNNNNNNNNNNNNNNNNNNNNNNNNNNNNNNNNNNNNNNNNNNNNNNNNNNNNNNNNNNNNNNNNNNNNNNNNNNNNNNNNNNNNNNNNNNNNNNNNNNNNNNNNNNNNNNNNNNNNNNNNNNNNNNNNNNNNNNNNNNNNNNNNNNNNNNNNNNNNNNNNNNNNNNNNNNNNNNNNNNNNNNNNNNNNNNNNNNNNNNNNNAAGCUUUAAAAAAUUGUUCGGACUAAAGAUUGUAGUCAAUCAUCGAAAUGAAGCCAUGAACAUGAAGAGCCCUAAUGGCAGCAAGCCUAUGAAAGAGGGAUAUUUACUGAACUGAUAACAAAUAAGAAAAGAGGGAUAUUCCAUUAGACCCACGUUUAUUUGAAAUAUUGAAUCAUGAUAUGUAAAUGAAAAGCUAAAUAGCACAUAGAAAACAAAAAUAAAACCUAAAGGGGGUGUUUGUUUCAAGGUUAAGAAUGACAUUCCCGGGAAUACAUGGCUAGGGAAUGAUUAUACCCAUGUUUGUUAUGAGGUUGAGAAAAAAAUAUUCCUGGGUAUAAAGAUUCCUGGGAAUGGAGUAACUUCCCAUAACUUCCAUUAUUCCCAUGUAAAGAGAUGGGAAUGUGCAUUCCCAUGAUAUUAUGCAUAGAUUUAAAAAAAAAAAAUUGUAACUUCCAAUUUUUCCAGGAAUGUCAAGUUAUUUGCCAAACACUUUUUUUAACAAAUACCCAAUAAUCAAAUUUUCAUAUUUUCAUUCCCGGGUAUAUUAUUCCUGGGAAUAAUUUGUGUUUUCCAAAAACAAACGCUCGUAUGCACAAAAGUUCAACCAUACUCAACAGGCACACAUUGCAAAAAUUCAAUUAGUUUAGAAAUUAUGGUAGGCAAAAGCCAUAUGUAAUACAUGAAUUUCUGAUACUAAUCGAAUGGCAUUAUUGUGUACCAAAACAUUUGAUUUUGUCAAUGUAAGCUCCCAUUUAUUUAUCCAUCAACUAAGCCAACAGUCACUAUAUCCUUCCUCCACAUACUUCCUGCAAUUGAUGAGCUGCAAGGUUCUGAUUCAUUCAUUUGACGCACAUCCAUCUGAAAUAUUGAAUCACGAUAUAUAAAUGAAAAGUUAAAUAGAACAUGGCAAAAAGAAAUUACUCAACAGGCACACUCUGCGAAAAUUCAAUUAGUUUAUAAUCCAUGGUAGGAAAAAUCCAUAUGUAAUAUGUACAUAAUUUCAGAUACUAAUGAAAUAGAAUUAUCCAACAAAAGACAAAUGCUAGGAAAGACCCGAAAUGAAUUUAUAGAGUGGCACCCCUCCUUACAUGUUGGUUUUGUAGGGUUGAGUUAGACCCAGUGUACAAUAUAAUAUGGCAUUAGAGCCUAUGGAUUCAGACCACCUACCAUUUAUAUCCACGCACCAAGUCCAAUAGUGUUGGGCAUGAGGAGGUGUAUUGGGAAAAACACAAGCCCGACAUAGGAUAAAGAUAAGACAUGAAAAAUUUAUAAAUAGUGGCACCUCUCUCCUUACAAAUCGGUUUUAUAGGUUUGAGUUUGGUCCAAUAUAGAAAUCUACUACAUUGUAUGGUAGAAUGUUAGAAAACAACCCAAAGUGAAAGAAUAAAAGGAAAUAAAUACGGUUAUUUAUUAUUUGCAUAUACCUGUUGAUGAAGGAAUCGGUGUGCGACCUUGUAUUCCCUCUGGAGGAUGAUGUGCUGAACAGAACAAUCUGAACGCCCACGGUGAAGAAUAUUGUUGCAGCCCUGGUGAAGAACAAUGCUGUAGUGCAGAACAGAACAAUCUGAACGCUCCUGGUGAAAAAUAUUCGAUACGAAAUGCUCGAUGCUCUGAAAUAAAAAUCUGAACUUGCUUCGAAUUUGAACAGAAAUUCUUGAUGCCGGUGGAAUCUGGAGAGAGGCCAUGAAAGGUGGAAGAAAUUUUGGAAUUAGGAUUCUAUUUAAAUUUGCUUGUUUUGAGAGUAUUUGGGCAUCCAAUUGACACCUCUAGUCUACACAGUGAACCACCACAUUAUGCAAACGUGCACCUUAGGUAUAGACAAUAACAAAACAAUAUAGAAUGAAUUCUUAUAAGUUAGUUCAUGAAAACAAAAUAUUUCCAUUUUGAUAUCAGAAAUGGUCAACUCAGACGUAUGCACCCUUCACUCUUAGUGGUAAUGGACAGUCUUAUCAUGUAUUACAGAUUUCGAUUCCCCAAACAAAAAUGGAUAUCUAAUACAUGUUCUCUCACUGAACCGAUUAGAAGUUUUCUACUGGAAUAGGUAGCAACUGAACAUAGAUCCAUUUUCUAAAGAUCAUUGAAAAUAUUUGUCGGGUCGAUUGAAAAGUCAAGUAAAUGAUAAAAUCUGGAUUUUAUUUAUAAAAAGAAUCGAAAAAUCCAGAAAAAAAAAGUACCUGUUGGGCAAUAAUGUUCUUUCUCUCCUUUUCUUUAACUUUCUUCUCAUUUUCUGCUUCAACUUUGUCUUUUAUAAGCUCAUCUACCUUGCUCGUAUAUUCCCGAAUAGACUAGAGAAAAAUAAAAAAUGAUUAUUAACAAAAGAAAAAAAUGUUUGUCCUUAAUAAUAAUUGUAAUGAAAGAGACCCUUGUAAAAAACAUACCUGUAAGAGAUAAGGGAAGGAAAAAUCCAUCAUAUUGUUCUUCCAAGCUAGCUCUAAUGCAACAUCUGGCCGUAUUAGAUCAUAACAAGUAGAGAGGCACGAUGCAAAACACUCUUUCUUCCCCUGAAAAACAAAGACAGAAAGAAAUCUUGACCAAGUAAGCAGUAAUGAAGUGUAGAAAGAAUGAAUAUAAUUCAUAACGAUGAAGAGGUCACACCGCAGAAUGUGACAGGGCCUAAUCUGGCAAGGAUCUAAUAAAUGUACACCUGCUCACUAAAAUAAACAAGCAAAUCCUCUGAGAGUUUCUGGUCACCAGAUUGAUAGCAAGUUUCCAUGCAGUCCUUGUAAAGUUUGUCUUUCUUUAACAUACAAAUGGACUGUUUCCAUCUUCCAGCUUUCUUGUAAAUAUAAGCAGCAACACGUCUCAUCUCAAGGAGCUCGUGCUUCUCAAUCUGAUCAUGUGUAUUGUUGAAACCAAUCAAUAAUCAUUCAAGAUUUAGAAGUUUGCGAAAAGGAUGUAGAACUCAAUUUGGCCAAAUAAGUAAGAUAAGGAAAAUCCACCUUCUGUGCAAGACCUAUCUGAUUGAAGUUGUCAUACAGAUCUAUCGAUUUACGAAGUCUAUCGUAGUCCACCUCGUCAACAUAAAUUUCAUGCAAAGCUUCAUUAAUAGAAAACACAUUGCUGCUUUGAACUUCAACCAUGUACGGCUUUAUCAAUCGGAUAUGGCCUGCCUAAAAAUCAGAAAAUUCGAGCAACAAGUAUAAUUAUUGCAUUAAUCAUUUGCAACUAAUUAUUUACAUAACCUAAUAAGAUUAAAAUUACAGAUAUUAGGCAAUAGAGUACAAGAAAUAUAGACCUUCUGCGCUAUUUCUACAAUACGGGCAUGUUCCACAUGACGGGCAAGCACAUUAAGAAGAUCAUUUAUAAUAUCAGGAUGUUCUUGCAAGUAGAAAUGAACAGCCUUAUAAUAUAGUUCUACACGACCAACAUUUACUAUAAUAUGUUUGAAUUGCAUGUGGUCCCAUGCUUCUCGAGAGUGAUUCAUUACAGUGAUUGCAGCAUUAUUAAACUCUUCAAAUUGCACAUAUAGGUAUGUGAGUUCUUUCCAGAGUUGAUGUUCAUCACACGCCUGAAAAAGCUUGAGACUGUUGAGGUUGGUUGAGAACAACUUAAUGUGCUCCAUUAACAUCUCAGGACGAUAUCUUGCGUAAAGAACUCCCAACUCAGUAAAGAUACUCUCAUGAGCACACUCCAGUUCUAUCCCUUUCUCCAUUAGAGAGAUGAGUUCAUUGAAGCGUCUUCUGUUCUGAUAAUACUUGCAAACUUCUUCCAGAUCGUCCGCCUUCAUAAAAAUGAUGAGUGAUUAGCCAUAAAAACGGAAAAUAACAAACAAAUCAACAGUUUAUCUGCUACUUAUUGUGUAUACUAAUAACUAGAUGUUCUAUACUUCACCGGAACACAUCCCAUUAACUUGCAUGCAAUGAAAUUGAAAUAUGAGCGGAAAACCUGGAUACUGAAAAUUGGAGACAUAGGGACAGGGGUGGUAUUACUGUCAGAAAAAAUAAACGAAAGUUUAAGCUAGAAAUCGUGCCACCUGAACAAUAACAUUGAGACCACAAAUCUGAGCUAAGGAGGAUUCCCCAGCAUCAAUGCAGGAAAAACAAACAUCCUUCCAUGUUUUCAAACUGUUUGCUUUCUUAGCAGCAUCAACAGCAUCUUGGAAUUGUUGAAGCUUCACCAAUGUCACUGCUAACUUAGCCCAGUCAGGGAUAAAAGCAAAUAUAAUUUUUGCAGCCUCAUAAAGCGCCUCAGCAUACAAGCGGUCUCCAACAUUUGGCAAAUUAGAAACAUUUGGCAUCAAAAUAAACUCUUCAAUUUCUCCAAGCCGACCAAUCUUUGCAUACGCAUAAAUGAGCUCACUGUCCACCUUGGGCUCUUUGGUCUUCUGCCUAACCAUGAGAAGGUACUUUACUAGGUCAUGGUAUACAUUUGCAACUUCAGCAGCCUUUAUAACCUCUAAAAACUGAGUGGCAUCAUCUGCACGGAUGAACAACUCAAUUGCAUCACUUACUAAGCCUUUUCUUAGUUUCGCCUUAGCCACCUGGCUCCAUACAGAAUCUUCUUCAACGCAGAAUGCAAACUCCAUAGCUCGAUCAAUGGUCUUAAGGUUAUCUAGCAGAACAUUAACAGCCUUAACAUUCAGAUUAAAUUUCUUGAAAACGGCAAAAGCUUCUUCAUAUAAGCGUGCUUCCACUGCCGCCUUCCCGACAGCAGAGCCAUCAAAGUUGUCCAGCCUAUUUAUGUAACCCAUGACUCUUAAAGGAUCUGCUUUUAUUGCAGCAAGGAUCAGUAAGCUUUUUAGAGUGAAGUUUGCACUAAAAGCAGAAUUAUGUAGCACAAUCUUGUCGAGAAGGUCAAUCACUUCAUGGGUAAGAUUGGCAGUCAUAAAAGCUUUCACUGCAGCUGAAACUUGGUCAGGACUCUUGCAUUUAGGCAAAGCAGUAGACACCACUUGAUCAAUCAACUGUCUUCUAAACACGUUCCCAGGAUUUAGAACCUCUUUCCAGAGGCCACCAUCCAUCCGUUCCAUAACAUAUCUGACACAAACAAUAUCAUAAAUAAGACGAGUGUCCCAGACUAGCAUUUUGAAAUACAAUAGCACAAUAUUAAUGAAGAAUUGUAUACACACCUGGCUUGGAGUUUGAACAAGGAAUUUUUAUUGGUCACAUUAACAAGCUCAUAAUCACAUUUCCCCCUUGUGUAAGCAACAACGGCAAGUGUUGGGUCCCUUUGCUCACAAUAUUUACCAAUAACACGAGAAUCAUAAUAUAGGUUGGUUGUGAGAAAAUGUACUGGAUUGCUAUUGCUGUCAAUGAUGAUUCUCCCAAGAGCAUUAUGCACAUGUACAUCUCGGCUCCCCUCCCACACAAGAUCCUCCAAGAUCUGAGUAAGCAAACGAAGACGAUUCCUGCAUAUAGAAAGUAAAAUGAGAAAAUAAUAUGGUAAUGUGGAGAUGCAGGGCAGAGAGAAAAAUAGCAUACCUCUUUACAAAUUCUUCAACUAAAGGCUCAACUGGGAAAGGAGAACGAAUCGAAAGUACAAGACCUUUAAUGAAAUUUUCAGGGCAUCGAUCAUCUAACAACUGCCCUACAACUAGAGGAAUCUUUUGAGGAUUGACCUAUAGGUAAGAAAUAUAAUGUUAGAAAUUCACGUUUAAGAUUAGCAUAGAAAGAUUCAAAAUUAAAUGCAAUCACAAAAAAAAAGUUACCCUUUGAACAUAUUCUUCAACAUAAUGAAGCAUGUUUUGACUAUAGAGAUAAUGUAUGAGAUGAGGAACAAAACCAAAACGAUCACACACAUUAAUCAGUGGCCGUGCAUUUGGAAGGUUGGUCUUCAUUAGAAAGUUCUUUGUCUUCUCAGCAUCAUAAUAGCAUGAUUCCCGGGUUACACGCUCUACCUCCGUAAUAUGUCCCGUUUUAACAGCUACUUCAAUGUACUUGAAGUGAAUGUCAGGAUUCUUACUGUACAAUACAGAAUCAAAAGCCAAAAUUAUUAAAGUAAUUACUACCAAAAGCAAAAUAUAGUCUGUCUGGAAAAUCAAUGCCAUUUUCAUUCUUCAUUUAGAAAUACCUAGAUCUCAAAUGUGCACCCAAGAAAAGGUAUAAUCCUUCAUCAGAAUUGAAUUUCUCAAAGAGUUUGAUGCAUGCAUCAACACCCAGCUGUUUCGAAUAUUCCUUGGAAGUCUGCAGAUUAGGUACUAGUAAGAUUAUUUUAUACAGAAACUAUAAUAACAAGAAAAAAUAUCCAUGUUACAGUACCUGCACAAUUAUUUUAAGAUUUCCCCCAAGGUUGACAAGUAAAAGUUGUUCCAUACACUCCAGUGCCCAUUUUCGAGGAAGGGUUCCAAAAAACUUAACAAGAGCCUGAAAAUCACUUCAUAAUAAGAAGACAACAUAUAAAAGACUAAGUAGAUACAGUCACUCUAGCACCUGAAAUCCAAACCUGAUGUUCAAUGGCAUCAGUUUUCACAAUGAUGCGUUUGAUGUCAGGCAACUCAGUAUAAUGCUGCACAAGAGACAGACACGAAACUUCAAGAAAUUACUGACAACAAAUUACAGUCAGUCAUUGGUAUGAAAAGCCAAGAACCUGAAGAGCCCGGAUGAAAAGGCCGGCCUUUUCACAAAGUUUAGCAAUACGUGGACGAUCAUAAUGACUAAACACGCCUUUUGCCAAUAUAGAAUCAGCAACAUUUGGAAAGGUCUUAAGAUUGAUUUCCAGCAGCUAAAAAUGAUUAGAGCAAAUUUUCAUAAAAUCACAAAAAAAAUAUUGUAUGACUCCAUCAACUCGUAGAUAAAGAUUAAGGCAAAGAAAAUAAAGGAACCUUUGUUUGAAGAUGUCCAUGUUCAGGUAGGUCUGGCUUCAGCAGUUCCAACAAAAAGGUAGUUGCCUCACGGAUCAUAUUCCUCUAAAAAGUAACAGUAGAAACAUACAAACAAAAUUAAGGGUUGACGACUUGAUGUUUCCAGCACAUAAAUAAAAAACAAAAGGAAAUGAUUGGCUCUUUAUUUAACAAAUAGUUCUCGGUACUCAAAUUAAAGGAAAACAUACACGGGAUGGUUAAAAACCACUAUCAAUGCGAGUUUUCGGAAAGAGAAGGUCUGAUUCCAUUAGAUUUUUCAUUUUUCCAUUAAGUAGAAAAUAACUUUUCUGAAAUGCAAAAACGCAUUAUUCACUCUGCCACUUAAAACAUUACAUAAAGAUUUCAUAAAAGUCGAAGUAGAACAGGCUCAAGUAAUCAAGUAUUAUAGGUUCUAAAAAGGAAAAUGAAGAAUGAAAUGGAGACAGAAAUUGUGUACAUGAUACUUCCUUUUCUAAGUUAGGUCAAAUUACAAGUUACGCUUGAUAUGGGAGAACAAUGAAACCUACAUCAAUAAAACAAAAGAUAAAAUUAAAUAGACCUGAAGAAACAGAUCGGCUAUUUUGUUGUAGUCAACAGGGCAACCCCCCUCCAUUCGCAACAUCAUCAGAGCAAAAUCUAGAGCACCCUACAAUGGAACAUGUUCUGAGUAAAUGAAUAAACAAAAAGUAAACUCACAAGAUAACAGAUAUUCUAGAAAGAUAAACAUCAUAAGUAGCACAGAUGAGGUGAUAUCAUUUUAUGAUGUUUGGAUGUUUGGACUUCGGAUGCAUUCAACCAUCAUGCAUGAGGUGCUAUAAUUUUAUGGGAAAUGUUAACGAGUGCCCCCCGGGGCACUUGUUAAGCACUUUAAAUAGUAAGUUUUAAAUGAAAAGUUGUGUAUUGAAUGUAUUGGAAAUUGUAAUAAUUGACUUUUUAAAAGAAUAAUUACUAAAUUUGGGAUGCUUAAAGAGUGCCCUGGGGGCACUCGUUAACAAGACCUAAUUUUAUAAGUGCACCACAAUGAUCAGAACUGAAAUAAGUUUACCAAUAAAGUAUUUCCAUAAGGCAAAACUUGAUCAUUUCAAAUCGAACUACACUAACCUGGGCAUCUGUUUGCAAUAUUGUUUGCAGAAGGAAUAUGUAAUCAAGAGUGUAUCCAACCUGCAGUAAAUAAAAGGAGAAAAAUACAUCAUGCACUGCAAAAAUAAUAAUAAUUAACUAUGUAAUAAAACAAAAGUAUAACAUUCAUUUAACAGUCCAAUAUUACCACUAUUUUCAUGAUUUUGUAAAGUCUAAUAAAACAAAUGUUUCAUUACCUGCUUUGAGUAUGUCAAAAUCUUAUCAUAUUCCCUCCUCUCAGCAAAAGCUGCAAUAACCUUUGGUGUGGCACUUGCUUUAGUAUAUAUUUUCAAUGCCAGGUCUUUAUCCACUUUCUGCAUUAGAUGUGUGUCUUAUAAGAUUGAAUAGACAAACGAAAGGAAUAUAUAGCAAACUAAAUAUGGUUAUUGAAUCGAGAUUCAAAUAGUGAAUCAGAAGAACUAUUUUCUAAAUUGAGAAUUGGAUCUUAUCACAAAUCGUAAGAUACAUUAUCAAAUAGUUAAGAGUACUAGAAUCGAGAAUCGAGAUACAACUAGCACCUAGCAUCGAGAAUCGAGAUACAACUUGCAUGUAUCUUAGGAUAUUGAUAACCAUAAGUAUAUUCAACUGAUAAAGAAACUAAGAAUCAAUUAUAGAUUUGUAUGAGAACAGAACCUUCACAAGGUCACCAAGCUCUUCAGUGCAUUCAAGUUUAUCCUCUGCUAGCCAUUUUCCUAAAAGUUUCUGUUUGUUUCGACUUACGGCUAGCCGUGACAUUUUCAAUGACUCAAAAGCAUCCAGUUUUCCACUAGAAAACAGAUGGUCAAAGUAUUGUAAGCAUGAUGGUGCAUCUUCCAAAGGUACGUUCUGAAAAAUAAUUUACAGAAGAUAAUUAACAAAAGAAAUGAACAACUUAAUGAAAUCGUCAUGUUAUUACUCUUCCAUCCCAUUAACAAAAAAAUAAAUGUAACAUCAUGAAGCACGAACAAUCCUUGGAUUAGGCAUGUCCCAGUGUCGGACAUGUGUCGUGUCCGACACCGACACAUAUAAUUACACUGAAUUAAGUGAUUUUCUCAAAUUAUUAGCGGUGUUUGGGUUUCAGCGUAUGUGACGUGUCCGGUGUCCGUGUUUGUAUCCGUGCUUCACUAUUUUAUUCCAACUCUACUUUCAAAAUAAUACAAUAUACAUCACUCUUAUGUCAAUUAUACUUCACCAUACAUUUAUGGCGAUACUUAACACUCUCAAUAAUUAAUAACUCUAGUUACGACAUUCCAGCUUGAAGGUGUGUGACGAGUAUCUAGUAUCUAACCGUUGUGUUUGACUGCUAUCAAUGUCACUGUCGUAUUUAGUGUCUGCCUCAAUGCUUCGUAGAUUAAUAAUCAUCCUUAUGUAAAAUUGUUGCACACUUUUAUUUAUUUACAAAUUUUCUUAAUUUAUAUAAAAAUACCUAAAAAUGAAAAUUAAACAAUCCGAGUAAUAAGCACAGUUAAUAACCGGAAACAGCCGUUAAGACCUAGCUCAACUAACAAUGUCGAUAUUGUUAGGCUAAACAACUUUAUUAGGCUAAACCGGACAUUGCAAUUGCGUGUGAGUUUCAGGUGUUGGUGUUUUGACAAGAAAAAAAAUAGGAAACAGACACACACUCUCGCGCAGAUGAAUGAAAAUUGUUAACAAGAUUGCAAAAGCAGAGUGCAAAAACCAUUAAUAUAACAGAAAAUAGGGUUUGAUCGAUAUUUGGAAUGGGAAUGUGAGAAAUUACUAACCGUUGAGGAUUCUUUCAUGGAGUUAGGAGUGUUAUCACCCGCCAUGACGAUCGAAACAGAGUUUUAGAGAGAGAGAGUUGAAAUUUUGAAGAAGAAAGUUUGCGAGUAAGAGAUUGGAACACAGUGACAGUGAGAGCGAGAGUGAGCGAGUGGAAUGAAGAGAAUAGAGGAAAAACUGUUUUAUUAUAAGAGCUACGUGUGCUACAAGCAAGCAUAAGCAUUUAUAUUUUUUUAAAAAUCAAGGGCAAGAUUGCAUAACCAUAUCUUAUAAACAAGAGUAAGACAAUUUUUUUACCUUUAUGUGUACCGUUUGGCUAGGUUUUUUUUUUGUCUAAAAGCUACUUUAAAACAAAGUUAAAAUAAAACUCUUUAAGAAAAAAGUUAAAGUUGUUUGGUUUCUUUAAUUUUUUUUUAGUUCUAAAGUUAUUUUUAAGUUAAAAAUUAUUUAGCAAAAUAUUGUACAAAAUUUUAAAUUUAUUAUUUUUUUGGUGGUGUUUGGGGUUCGAACUCGCGACCUUGCAUAUAUAUAAGUACCGUUUGGCCAUGCUUUUUUUCGGUCUAAAAGCAACUUUAAAACAAAGUUAAAAUAAAGCUCUUUAAGAAAAAAGUUAAAGCUGAUUGGUUUCUUUAUUUUUUUUUUAGUUCUAAAGUUAUUUUUAAGUUAAAAGUUGUUUGGCAAAAUUUUGAUUUUUUUUUUUUGUGGUGUCCAGGGUUCGAACCCGCGACCUUGCAUAUAUUUAUACAUUGUCAAUAUCAACUGAGUUAAGCUAGAGAAUAAUUUGUUUUUUCUUUUCCAAUUAUAUUGUAUAACAAAUUUUGUUAUAAGAAUAUCAUAUUUUUGGUGUCAUUUAAAAAAAAUAAGAAUUUAUAUUAUAUGAUAUUAUAUUUGUUACAUUGUUGGAGUCAUUGACAAAGAUAUGUUUAGUUUUUUUAAUAAGAAAAAAAUAUGCAUAGUUUGUUACAAUAUAAAUGUGUAAAAUAUAUAUAAGUAUAAUUUUUUUAAGCAUCUAUACUAGUACUUUUAAUUAAAAUCAAAAUUUUAUAAAAAUAAUAAUUGUUACAAUAUAAAUGUGAGGAUGAGAGCGAGAGUCUGUGAGGAUGAACGGACAGUCCGACUGCGGCCACAACGCAGGGAGGACGUCCGGUGUUCUUCUUCGCCGGCGGAGAGAUCCAAUUGGGGGGGAAGGGAGCCAAGCUGGGUGCCACUUAAAGGGGGGGUUGGGGGAGAUUGGCUUGUUGUGAGUCCUAGAAUGGGGAAAGCGCGGCGACAAGGAGAUCGAGGUCGGGAUCGGCAGCGGAAGGUCAAGCGGUUCCGUGAUUGGGACGAGGCAGGCAAGAGACAAUCUAGAACUAGGGAUUCACGCAGGUUCGGUUACGGCAGCGAUGCGGAUUUCUACCAAGACAGGCUUGCUGAGCGGUCUGAUGAGGAAUUGAGGAAGGACUGGUUGCGGUUUGAGAAUAGGAAUCGCGCUAGUGGUCACAGCUCUGGGGUUGCUGGUUAUGCGCGUCGGAUUCCGGCGCUGGACAGGCUUGGUGAGGGCGGUAGGAAGCAGGACACGCGCGACAUCAGCGGAGCCACCAAGGCCUUGACGAAUGCGGCUCUUUUUCGACGGUAUGUCACGUUUUAUUUUACUAAUUUUCCACCGUUCUUAUCGAAUUUUUAUUUACGAAAAGGGUUUGAGGUUUGUGGCAUGCUGGACGAGGUUGUGGUACCCCGUAGGUGCAAUGUUAACGGAGAACGGUACGGUUUUGUGAGAUACUCGAAUGUCCGGGAUGUUAGUAAGUUGUUGAAAGCCGUGAAUACUGUUUGCUUUGGUAAUUUCCAAAUUAAGGCAAAAGUUGCUAAUUUUGACAAGGCGGCAGCUAGAGUGGUUGAGAAUUUGGUGGUUGGCGCGGGUGCGAAGGAUACCGCGGGAGGAGGUGUUAAGGUCGGUAAGGGAGUUAAAUCAGUUGUUGAGGGUGAUGUGAUGGAAGCUGGAUCGAAAGCUGUUGAAGGCCAAUCGGAUGGACUAGAGGGACGGGUGCCACAAGCCAGAGUGGGUGCGUUGGAUAACGUUCAGGUUGGUGACGUGACGGUGAGCUUGGGUAAGGGGCAUAGUAAGGAGCAACAGGGCGGUAGCGGGAAAAGUAAGUUCGUUAAGUUUGAUGUUCGUCAUACAGGGGGGCGACCUUCAAUCCAAAAUUUGGUCCGGAUGUAUCGUUCAAGUGUGGAAGAUCUUCAGUGGGCCCGUUCAGGUGUGACUGCUACGGUGACUAAUGGUGAGAGUAUCAGGGGCGUUCAAGAUAGAAUUGCGGAUGCGGGUAUAUCAGAAAUUGACAUCAUUCCAUUAGGCGCUGACAAAGUUUUCAUUCGUAGUAUGUCCGAGGUUAGUGUUACAACUAUUUUGAACGAUGCUAAGGAUUUCUUUGCUUAUUUUUUCACCAAUAUUGUGAGAUGGGAUAAGAAUUUGGUGCCGUUCCAAAGGGGGGCCUGGUUGAGGUUGUAUGGUAUUCCGCUGCACGCUUGGAAUGAAAGCUUUUUCAAAUUAUGUAUUCUUGACGUGGGAAGGCUUUUACGUAUGGACACAUGCACUGUGGAAAAAGAAAGAUUUGAUUAUGCUAGGAUUCUGGUGGCUACAAAUUCUUUAGAGAUUAUAAAUUGUUCGGAGAAGCUUUUGAUAGAUGGUGUUUUGGUCACUGUGAAAGUGGUAGAGGAGUGGGGUUUUAAUAUUGGCGAUGAUGCUUGCCUUUACGAAGAGGAGGAGAAUGGGUCAAUUGAGGGUCAGGCUGACCCAGAAGAUGUGCAUAUUGAUCACGAACAUGAGGUUAACGCAGAUUUUUUGGUUGAUAAAAUAGUCCAAGAUUUUUUUGAUUCGGAGAGUAACGGAAGAAUUUUUGAAGAUAAGGUGGAGAAGGCGGUCUCAAAGACGGUUAAGCUUAAAGCGGUAGGUGGUCAAUCGAAAGUGGGUAGGUGUAGUGAAGCCUUGCUCGAGGGGGAUUUACAACCUUUACGGUUAGAGCCCUUUGUGGAUCAAUUGAUGGGUAGUGCGUCACCUGAGUGUAAGGUUGAUGGGCAUGGCAGUGCCGACGUUCCUGUGGAUAGAAGUGUUGAUGCUGAUGAGUGUCCAAGUGAUGGGGGGUCAGUUACUGUUAGGAAGCUUCGAACUCGUCGAAUGGUUUCAUGCCCUCCCAGAGCUGAUCGUUCAGUGGUAUCUGGUCCGUGGAGUCUGGAUUGGAUAAAUGAUCAACAUCUUAGUGACGUAGGGGUUGUGUCUUCUUCUCGGAAAUUUGACGCUAAGGGUAAGAGGCUCAAGGCUUGUCGUAAUAUUCAAGAGGAUGUUGUUGUUAAGCGAAAGAAGGUGAAGGGGUUAUUGCGUCAUUCAGUUCUUAGCUUGAAAAAAGUGGCACGGCUUCCUACUAAAGACCGGAAAGUGGUUAUGAAAAUUCUAAAGAAAAAUGAUCGGAAGUUUAAAGGAUCCAAUUCAAUCAGAAAGACGGCUAGGAUGAUUUCUAAAGACCUAUCCGAGAAUUCAUCAUCUUCUAGCUCUAUUAAUAAUAGUGACUGGAAGCAUUGGGUGGUACUUCAUGGGAGUGACAAGGUGGUGGCGGAGGAUGUGAAGACCCUAGGGGAAUCUAUUGGUGUGAAUCUUAGUGGGUACAACAAUAGAUUUGGGGUGUUAGCAAGAAAAGGGAUGGGGAAAAAGAAGAAGUUAGCUUUUGGUGAUGGUGGUUCAGGAGGGGCGGUUGAGGGUGUUGUGUAGGCGUGGUAGCGGUGGCUGGGAGGGUGUGGGAGAUGAAGUUGUUAUCUUGGAAUGUAAGGGGGUUGGGUGGUUACGAGAAGAGAAAGGAUGUUCGAGCUCUGGUGAGGGAUAAGCAGCCGUUGAUUUUAUGUCUGCAAGAAACGAAGUUGCAAAUGUGUGAUGUUAAUGUGUGUUCGUCGGUUUGGGAUAGGCAGUCGACGGAGUUCUCUUUUCGCCCGUCCCAAGGGGCGUCAGGGGGAUUGCUGACCGUUUGGGAUGCCUCGGAGGUUGAGGUGUGGUCGUCAGGCUGCUUUGAUCAUGUUUUGAGUAUUCAUGGCCGGUUCAUUUCUUCAGAUGAAGAAUUUCACUUAUUCAAUGUGUACGCUCCUUGUGAUGGAGGAGCUCGACAGAUAUUAUGGGUUGCUUUAACGACUCGUCUUCAGGCUCUUAGGGGUAAAAAGGUGUGCGUUUGCGGUGAUUUUAAUGCGGUCCGGAGUCGGGAAGAACGUAGGUCGGCGACGGUUUAUGGCGGUGUGUCGGAGUAUGGUCCUUUUAAUCAAUUCAUAGAGGAAAAUGGUUUGCUUGAUUUACCGUUGUGUGGGCGUAAUUUUACUUGGUUUAAAGGGGAUCGUCGUUCAAUGAGUCGACUUGACCGGUUUUUGGUUUCUGAAGAGUGGAGUUUGGUUUGGCCCAAUUGUAUUCAGGUUGCGCAUUUGAGAGGUUUAUCUGACCAUUGCCUGUUGAUUUUGUCUGUUGAUGAGGAAAAUUGGGGGCCUCGACCGUCGCGGUUCUUGAAAUGUUGGUCAGACACCCCGUGUUAUAAGCAGUUUGUUACUGAUAAGUGGAAAGCUUUACAGGUGGAAGGUUGGGGUGGAUAUGUUUUAAAAGAAAAAUUCAAAUUAAUCAAAUUGGCGCUGAAAGAGUGGCACAUAUCUCAUUCGCAGAACGUAGCAGUGAAAAUUGAUUCUCUUAAGGUCAGGUUGGCCGAGUUAGAUGGUAAAGGGGAGGUCGAGGAGUUAUCUGACGCAGAAUGUGUUGAGUUGCAUGGUGUGUCAGAAAAUAUUCAUUUGUUAUCCAGGCUUCACAAUAGUAUCUGUUGGCAGCAAUCGAGGAACCAGUGGCUGCGUGAAGGUGAUGCGAACUCUAAGUUUUUCCAUUCCAUUAUGUCCUCUCGUCACCGUCAUAAUUCUAUAAGUUCAAUUUUGGUUGAUGGUACUUUGGUUGAGGGCAUUGACCCUGUUAGGAAGGCGGUGUUUACCCAUUUUGCGACUCACUUUCAAUCGUAGAGUGUGGAGCGACCAAGUGCGUCGAAUCUCCAGUUCCGCAACUUAUCUUUGGUUGAGGGAGGGGGCCUGAUUAGACCUUUUUCGGUAGAUGAAGUUAAGGCUGUUGUGUGGGAUUGUGAUAGUUUUAAGAGCCCGGGUCCGGAUGGAGUAAAUUUUGGAUUCAUAAAGGAGUUUUGGGUUGAACUGAAAGAUGAUAUCAUGAGGUUUGUCACUGAGUUUCAUCGAAACGGGAAGUUGGUAAAAGGUAUUAAUACUACUUUUAUUGUUCUUAUCCCAAAAGUUGAUAAUCCGCAGAGGCUUAAUGAAUUUAGACCUAUCUCUUUGGUAGGAAGUAUGUACAAAAUUAUAGCUAAGUUGUUAGCUAACAGAUUAAGGUUGGUGAUUGGUAGUGUGAUUUCUGAAACUCAGUCUGCUUUUAUUAAGAAUAGACAGAUUCUUGAUGGUAUUCUUAUAGCCAAUGAGGUGGUGGAUGAAGCUAAAAAGUUUAAGAAAGAUCUUAUGUUGUUUAAGGUGGAUUUCGAAAAAGCGUACGACUCUGUUGAGUGGGAUUACUUGGAUUCGGUUAUGGAAAGAAUGUCGUUUCCUGUCUUAUGGAGGAAAUGGAUUAGAGAAUGUGUGGGUACUGCUACAGCUUCUGUUCUUGUUAAUGGUAGUCCUACUGAUGAAUUUCAACUGCAUAGUGGCUUGCGUUAGGGGGAUCCCUUGUCCCCUUUUUUGUUCCUGAUUGCGGCUGAGGGUCUUCACACGUUGAUGAAAGCGAUGGUUGACAAUCAGUUGUUUACGGGGUACUCGGUUGGGGUGGCAAACCCGGUUGUUGUUUCUCAUCUGCAAUUUGCGGACGACACUUUGCUGCUUGGCCAUAAAAGUUGGGCUAAUGUUCGGGCUCUUCGUGCGACUCUUGCCAUUUUUGAGUUGAUGUCCGGUUUGAAAGUGAAUUUCAAUAAAAGCUUGUUGAUGGGUAUUAAUAUCUCUGAUUCUUGGUUGAGUGAGGCUGCUUCGGUGUUGAGCUGUAAAGUAGGUAAGAUUCCUUUUUUGUAUCUAGGUUUGCCUAUUGGGGGUAAUCCGCGGAGACUUUCGUUUUGGGAUCCUGUCGUGAAUCGUAUUAAAUCUAGAUUGUCGGGGUGGAAUAGCCGGUUUCUCUCUUUUGGUGGUCGCUUGAUCCUUCUGAAAGCCGUGUUGACUUCUCUGCCUGUCUAUGCUCUUUCCUUCUUUAAAGCUCCAACAGGUAUAAUCUCUUCCAUUGAUUCUUUGUUUAAUAAUUUUUUUUUUUUGGGGGGGGGGGGGGGGGGGGGGGGGAGUGAGGACCGUAGGAAAAUUACUUGGAUAGAUUGGAAUACUGUUUGUUCUAAAAAGGAGUUAGGAGGGUUGGGGGUUAGGAAGUUGAAGGAAUUUAAUGUAGCUUUGCUAGGGAAAUGGUGUUGGAGGUUGUUAGUAGAUAGAGAUGGCUUGUGGUAUCAGGUUUUAGUCGCCCGUUAUGGCGAGAUCGGUGGGAGAUUGGAGGUGGGGGGCCGGAGUUGUUCUUCUUGGUGGCGGGAGGUAGGGAGGAUCUGUGAGGGUGGGGGCGGUGUAGGGGGUGAUUGGUUCGGCAGUAGUGUGAUUAGGAAGGUGGGGGAUGGUGCUGAUACGUUGUUCUGGUCUCAUAGGUGGUGUGGUGAUCGUCCUUUUAGUGAGCGGUUUGGCAGGUUGUUUGACUUAGCUGAGAACAAAGCCAUUUCAGUGGCUUCUAUGUUCUCUCUUGGCGUGGUGCAGGGGGGGAGGGUGGAGUUGGAGGCGAAGAUUGUGGGCUUGGGAGGAAUUUUUAUUAGAGGAGCUUAGGGCUUUACUGCUUGAUGUUUCUUUGUUGCCUAAUGUUUCAGAUAGAUGGUUGUGGCUACCUGACCCUGUGGGGGGUUAUACUGUUCGAGGAGCUUAUGUUAUAUUAAUAGAGGGCGCUCAUCCUCUUUUGACCGAAGCAAUGGAUCUAGUUUGGCAUCGUCAGGUCCCCUUAAAGGUCUCGAUUUUUGCUUGGAGACUUCUCCGGGAUCGGUUACCUUCAAAAGCAAAUUUGGCAGCUCGUGGUGUUCUCAGUUCUGAGGCGACUCUUUGUGUUAUGGGCUGUGGUCAUGUUGAAACGGCCGAACAUUUAUUUUUAUUUUGCCCAAAUACUGUUUUGUUGUGGCAGCAGGUGCGCAAUUGGCUAGGUUCUAUGGGGGCGGAUCCGAAUAAUCUUCAUGAUCACUUAGUGCAGUUUACUUACUCGACAGGUGUUGGUAAAGCUAAACGUUCUUUUCUGCAGCUAAUUUGGAUUCUGUGUACUUGGAUUGUGUGGAUCGAACGUAAUAACCGCUUGUUUGGUAAUGUUGUAACGGAUGUCCCAAGGUUAUUGGAUAAGGUUAAAUUGUUAUCAUUACGGUGGCUGAAAGCAAAAAAAAAACGUGUUUGUUUAUGGUACUCAUAUGUGGUGGUCUAGUCCUUUGUUAUGUUUAGGCAUUGGUUAAUUCCUGUUUUUUGUUCUUUGUGUUGGACUCUGUAACAUUUUGUAUCUUGUAGCAGAAUUCUAGGCACAUCUUGUGCUUGGAAUAUGCUAUGUUUGUGUUAAUAUAAUUCCAUUUUGAUGUGUUCAAAAAAAUAAUUGUACGCAUUGCGCAACACUGAAAAAAAUAUACGCAUUAGUGUAACAAAAAAAAAAAGACAUACAGACAUAAAAUAUUACUCUAAACGCUAAUGUGUGUGUGUAUAUUUGUGAGGUUGAAGAAAGGGAAUAAAAAUAUUUGGUGUCAUUCAAUGACUGCAUAAAUAAAAAUAUUUGUGAGGUUGUGAUAAUUAAACGAUAUUAAAAUUAAAUAUAUAAGUGAUUAAUAGAUAAUAAAAUUCCUUCAAAAAUAGAUAAUAAAAUUAAAUUGAUCCUCCUUUAAAAAAAUUAUAUGGACCGGUUCAAAAAAAAAUUAAAUGGAAGAAAAAAACAAAUCAAAAUAUAAUAUUAAAAAAUAAAAUAUAAGGUUGCCUGUGUGAGUUGAAGAGAAGUGCUUGUGAAAUAAAUUACAGAGAAGUAGUUUUUUGAAGUAGCAUUCAACAACUUUUAAAGCUCAUUCCAUUCAAUUUUAUGAAUUCUAAAAAAAAUACAUUUUUUCGAAGGUACUUUAUUGAUAUUGUGUUUCGCCUAGCUUCUCUUUAAAAAUGUAGAGAAGUUGGAAAAAAAGUCGAGUCAAACGGUACCUUAUAAGCUUAUUUGAUUAAAAUAGAUUUGUUUCGUAAUUUUCACUUUCUCACAGGUUUAUAUCUUAUUUUCACUAAUUUAUGGUUUUUUUUUUUUUAAACACCACUGAAAUUCACGCACACAACAAAGUCUCAGGUUUAGACUCGGAUAGAGGUGUCCAACCUAACCAUUGACAGAUGAGUUAGGCUUUCCAGACAAUUUAUGACAGUUUUUUAUAAGCUAAUUCAAUUACCUUGUAGUUUAAAGUUUAUAAAGUAUCAUUAUUUAUCUCAACAAUUUUACCCUUCAAUCUUAAUUGAAAAAAAGUAAAUAUUAAUUAAAUAUAUCAUUUCAUAUUUAUAAGUUAGUUCAACCGCUAAUUAUUUAAAACAUUACAAAUCCAACUAGCUAGUUUACUUGCUAUCAACUAUAAGAAGGCCGAUAAGUUAUCAUCUAUAAUUUCAUGACUGUUGCUUUUCUGACAUCUAAUAUGUCUUGGAAACACAAGUAAAUGACUAAAAAAUUCAACAUAGUUAACUGCUGUCGAUUUUCUAGUUAUAAGCCAGCAGUAGUUAACUACUGUUAGAGAUAUUUUAAUAUUUUACUUGUGUUUUUAGGAAGUUUAUGAUGUUAAAAAAACAAUCGUCUAAUUUCAUAUGAUAUAAGGUUUAUCGGUUCAGUAUUUGCUAUUUUACCAAACAAAAUCAAUAUAUGAAAUUGGAAGGGAUGAUAGCUUUAUUAAGUUGGAAAGUUUAGGUGAGAUAGACUCGAGAGUUAUCCAAAAUCAAGGUAUACCUUGAGACUUAACAAAUUCAUUUUUAACUAGUAUAACUUGUCCCGUGUGUAAUAUUUAUUUUUACAAUUUGUCUCGUGUUUAAUAAUUACUUUGGCUUUUUAUCAAUGACAAAUCUUCUAGAUGUAUGAUAACUAUUUUAAAGGUUUCAUCCUCAAAAUAAAAAUAAAGUUAAAAGGUUUUAUUUUAUAAAGGGUAAAUAUCUCUUUUCGUCCCUGUAAUAUUAGUGAAUUUUGGUUUUAGUCCCUGUAAAAAAAGGAUUUAGAUUUGGUCCCUGUAAUUUCAGAUUUUUCCACUUUUGGUCCCUCAUUCCACCACGUAAGCAGAAUCUGCAUACAUGGCACGUAAAAAUGAGGGACGAAAAGAGGUAUUUACCCUUUUAUAAAGCAAACUAUCGUUAUUUAUUUAGGAAAAGAAAUUUUUUUGACUGUUUUCCUUAAGUUUGUUGUCGUUUUCUUCUAAAAAAAAAAUAUUUUGUUAAAAAUCGAGAUGUUACAAUUUUUUUUUGUUUUGUAACACAGACUUUAGGACUAUCGGAAUGUACUCCCUCCGUCUCUAAAUUAUAGUCGUAUAAAGUUUAUGCACGAUUAUUAAGGAAAUGAUUAAUUGUAUUGAUUUCAAUGGUAAAAUUAACAUCAUUUACUAAGAUACUCUUAUUAACAUGUAGUUAGUGAAAUAGUUAAGUUGGAUGAAAUUUAAUAAAUAAGGAUAUAAUGAUGGAAAAAAUAAAUGAAUGUUGCAUUAGUAUUUGUAAAGCGACAAUUAUUUUGAUAAAAAGAAAAAAUGCGAGAUUAUUAUUGUGAGACGGAGGGAGUAAUCUGUAGCAUAUAAUUUAUGACACAAUUCACUUCAAAAUUACAUAAAUAUACGAGCGAUCAGUUUAGAGUUUAGUAGUAAGAGUUCGAUCAUCUAUAUAACUUUUAGACAAUUGUAAAGCAACGAUUAAUGUCACUUAAUAAAUUUUAGAAAUUACAUAUAAAUAGAAGAACAUAUACAUGUUUGUAAACUCUGCUACUGAUGUGUGAACAGAAAAUAAUAAUUAUUUCAUCAAAAAAGAAAAUAAUAAUUAUGACAAAAACAUUAAUUUAUGUUAAGAUACAUGUUUGUGACAAACUUUAACAUGUUUGAGAGGAUUGAUGAUGAGGUUACUAUUGCUUGGUACAGCACAACCAACUUUCUUCAAUUCUAGAAAAGUUUGUGUAGUGUCAGGAUCAAAGCCACCUGCAAACUGAAUGUCUUGAUGGGUGAUGAGUUGGAUAAAAAAGUAAAUGUCAAAUUCAGAAAGUUCUGAGGAAUGUUAUUGUACCUGAUGUACUCUGAAUGCAAACUUAACUCCUUGUAAUAAGAGGUUAUUAUUAUCUUCAUGCAAAGCUUCAUGAGAUUUUAUUUCUUUAGUUAUUCGUUUCAUGAAUUCCUUUGCUAGCCUCAGUGAACAUAGCUUUAUCUGCAAGUUAUUAACAUGAUAAAGCCUUUCAAUAGGUUUUUAUGGUAAAUAAUAAGAUACCCUUUUGAAACAUGUAUAUCAUAAAAGGUAUAGAUGAUUCUGAUGUUAUUGUAGUGAUACUAUCUAUAUUAUGUGACAUGCAUCAAACAAAAUCAUUCAAUUGUGUCAUGAACUAUGAUUAAUUUCAUUUUAUGGAUUGUUGGUUCAAUUGUAUACAAUAAAGAAUACAAUAAUAUUGGAAAAUGUAAGACCUCUAGACAAUUGCUUUUUUAACAUCUGAAACUUCCUAAAAACACAUAAAAUACUAAAAUGUCCUCAGCAGUAGUUAACUACCGCUGACUUAUAACUAGAAAACUGACGGUAGUUAACUACCGCUGGGCUUUUUAGUCUUUUUCAUGUGUUUCUAGAAAAUAUUCAAUGUCAGAACAACAGCCAUCAGACCUCUAACCUCAUCUAAAAAUUUAUAGUAUGAGAGUCUAUUCAUUUGGGUUAUCCACCAAUUUAUCCAUGCACCUAGCCCAAUAGUACUAGGUGUGAUGGAGUGUGUUGAAAAAAACCAAGUCACGCAUUGAAAAUAGAUAAACCAUUUAUUUGUUUUCGUGUUUGUACAUCAAUAUCCAUAUGUUUUUUGUGAAGCUACUACUCUCAACAGCUUCGUAAAAAUCAUGUCAAAUGGUCAAUGGGACGUGAUAAUUUUGGUCCAACUGCCAAACCAAACAACCACAAAGUUUUUAAGAGUGUCACUUCUCACCUUAUUAAUCAUAGAGAUGAGUUGGACCCAAUAGAAAAAAAAAAAAAUCAUAUUUUGUGAUUUCACAUAAGCUUGAGUUUAAGCAAAAUUAACCAAUUCAAAAUAUUUUUCUUCAUAAUCUUUAGGACACUAGACACAUAUAAAUGCAAGCAUUUUUUUUAAUGUUUUAUAGUGAUCUAUAAUGCAUAAACAAGGUAUGAAUUUCUUACCUGACCAACAAGGCCAGUGUCCAUCAUCCACUCCCAAGGGAUAUGAAAAUUCCUAUAUUUCUUACUUGAACUCUCCCUUAUCCUCUCUUUACUACUUACACUUCCCUCCAACCUGCAAAAUUUUAAAAGCAAAACUUUCAAUUAAUUCUAAGUAUUGCUCAAAAACUUUAGUUAAACUCAACUCUACAAUUUUUGUACAUGCUCGCCUGUCUUGUAAUGCUUGUAUCCUUUUCAGGGCCAUAGAAAUUGGCUCUUUUGGAUUAUCCUCAUAUGAUGAAACUUCUGAUUCAAGAUUCUUUAGUUCUCUAUAGUUACAAGCAGCUUCUCUUAAUGCAUCUACUUUUUGUUCUGGCCAUUGUGGAAAAUGCUUUAAGACUGAUCUUUCAUCUACCAGUGUUGAUAAUUCUCCAUCAAGCCAUUUGAUGAAUGUUUCCACCUCAGAUAUAUCUGCAUAUGAAGCUGAUUCUACUUGUUUGAUUAAGAAACUGAUGAAUUCUUUUUGGCUUUGAACUUCUGAUUUUAUCUGUCAAAAAAAUGUAUCAAGUAUCAAUAAAAGAGUGUUCAUUGUUUUAUAGUUAAAGCCUUGCUUGGAUUGGUUUCUUUGAGCUUAUCUAUUGGAAUAAGUACUUGUGAGAUUAUUUCGGAGAGCUUAUGGAAACAUCUUAUUACAUGUCCAUAAGUUAAUGGAUUUAAAUUGUUUUAUAUGAUUAAUACUUAUGCUAUAAGCAUUAGUUUAAACUGUUUAUCCAAACAGGCCUAAAGAUUUAACAUUAGAAAAUUUUGAAGCUAAAUAUGAGAAGUUUGGAACUAAACUUACAGCUGAAAGAUGUUUUGACCGAUUUUCGAUUUCCUCAAUCAUGUUUCUGGUGAAUGCUACUGCAGGAAUUCCAUUGUGAUGAGUUUUGUUUUCAAUGUUGGCAUCUUUUCGUGUAAGCGAACGAUACAAUUCGAUUACUUCUGGCACACGACGAACUGUUUUCAAACCGAUAGACGAUUUUGAUGGUGUUGGAGGUGGUGGAGGUGCUGCUGUUGGCUGCAUUUUCAUUCCCUUCUCAUUUUUAUGUGAAGGUGAAAAAAGAGUAGAAGCAGGUUUUGGAGGAGGAGUUGGUGGCAAAACUAUUGAUGACUUUUCCUUUCUAGGUGAAGUUGAUGAGUCUUGAAAAUCUUGAUUUUCUGAACUCUUUUCACACAUGAUUGCUUGAAGUGCAGGUUUAAGUGUAUGGUGUGAAUCUGAAUUGUUAUCAUCUAUGGAUUUUUGUAUCUUUUUCCAUAGUAUGGUUUUUCUCUCCAUAUUGUGUGCUUUGAGUGAAAUUAUCUGUGAUUUUAAACGAGAUACUUCUUCUUUAAGUUCUUGGUUUUCUUUCUGUAGUAACUCAUUUCUAGCCAUGUGAAUUUCAAGUCUUUUUUUGAAAGAUGUUGUGAUCUCAGACUCAUUCUCUACCUGCAACAUUUUCUCUCCUUUUUUCACUCUAUAACAUGGUUAUCAAUUUGAUAUCUUGUACACUGAUUUUUGUUAUAUAUUUGGUCUUGUUUUUGAAGUAAGGUUGGUAUGUCUUGGAGUUAAAUAUCCAAGAAUGCCCUCUAUGGUACUAAUAAAGGUAAAUCAUCAUUUAGAUUCUUAAAUAUGUGAGAUGCUUUUAUAAUUGUCUCUGAAUGUAUAUUUUGUUGGUUAGUUUAGUACUCGAAUAUGUCUUUUGUUAUUUGAUCCAUUAAAAUACUGAUAAAAAAUAUGUUUAGGGAUGUUUUAGUAAUUUUGAUAUAUUCAAAAAUAAUAGUGAUAGGGUCUCACAUAUUUCUAAAAAUGAAUGUUUACACUAUUAAUAGUGACCUUAUGGGCCUAUUGGGAACAAUGGUAUUGAUAGAGUAAUUUGGACAUUUCACAUAAAUUUAAUGCUAUUUGACAUGAAGAUUAAUUAUGAUGCCUUUGUAAGAAAAUUUAUAAGUGAUUGAAGAUUACUUUGGUUUGCUGGCAGCAAUAGUAUGUGAAAGCUGCCUUUAGAGUGUCAUGUUAGGUACAACAUUAAAUAUGUUGGUCAAAUUUAAUGCUAUUGUUUCUAGAUUAAUCUAUGUGAGGUGAGAGAUUUCUUGCUCUCUAAUUUGUUAUUAUGUCAAAACUUUUUUAGGUUAGUGGUACAUCUAUAGUGUAGAAGUUGUUUAAGUGAGGUUUUAGUUAGUAUAUAUGCUUGUCUCAUUUCUACUUUGAAUCUUGUUCCCUUUUCUUCAAUUGAAUUUGAUUUAGAAUUCAUAAGUUAUAGUACAUGUGAUGUGGUCCAAAAAAACUAGUCGGUAUACUGAAUGGUUGAAAGUCCUAACUUACCUAGAUGGAACUCUUUUUCAAUGUGUUUGGUUUCAAUGUGGAAAGUAUUAACAAUGACUUUAUUUUCCCCUUAUGUCAAACAUCAUUGUAGUUUUGUGUAAGGAUGAAAAUCAAUUCUUAGACAAGUUGAGAUAUUGCACAUGUGUUAUUUUUUUUAGAUUGAUUCUGAUAAAGCAUAUGUUUGUUUUCGCAGUAGAAAAUUGAUUGAGGUGUGUUAUCUUUUAAACUAGGGUUUGUAGCUUCAACGUAUAAUUUUUUUAUCUCACUUUAAAUAUCAUAACCAAACACAAAUAAUUUUUUUUUCAUAUUAUGAAAAUCAAUUCUAACACAAAGAAACUUAUUUUUUGAGUAAAAAGAAUUAAAUAUAAACUAAUUUGUUGCUCCUUCAAACACAAUAUAGCUUCAUUGUGAUAGUUGUCUUUCAUUUCACACUGAUUACACUUCUUGUAGUUGAGUGGCAUUUGGCUUAUUCUUUGCUUGUGAAACAAUGAAAAGAGUGGUAGGAAAAAUGUGUCUCAUUCAGUGAUGUUUAUUGAAGAGUAAAUAUUUUCAUAAUGACUACUACGUCAUACCAAACCAGAUUCUUAUGAUAUUUACAUUUUUAUAUUUUUUUUGUUUUAUUUUUUAAUUUAAUAUGUUGUUUCAAAGCCUCUUCUAAACUCUUUUAUUUUUCUUUCAUCCUACUCCUUCUAUAGUUGAACAUUACCACCCCUACACACCGAAAGUGUGAAUUUGAUGUAGAUUGGUUUUCUGUGACAUGUUGAGGCCUACUAUACUUUAGGUGAAGAACGUGACUAAAUUUUUCAAGUUUAAAGUGUUGUUCAAACUUUCAUAACAAAUCAUUUUUUCAUCUCUUGAAUCUUGAUUAAAUCUUGGUAUCCGACCUAAUAGUUGAUUAACUCGAAAGGUCUAAUCUAAUUGUUCAUUUGUGGAGGCCAUUUAAACACACACAAAAUUGAGAGGUUCUUAUAAUAUUUUAGACAUUCAUUCAAAAUUUCUAAUGAUACACAUGAAUCGACUUAAAAGCAGAGACCAAAAGUAGCAAUGUAAAACUUUUGGAGAACCAAAACUCUAAAAAAAAAAUUAAAGGGACUAAAAAGAAAAGAUAGAAUAUUAGUAGGGACCAAAAAAUGUUUAGCCCAAAAAUAAAAUAAUGUUAAUUGAAAGACAUUUUAAGAAUAACAUUGUUAAAUAAAGUAAAACUAACAUAACAAUUUAUAUACCAACAAUUGGUAUUUAAAAAAAUAUUAAGUAAAAAUAAUUAGUUUUCAACCUUUUUCAGAUGUAAUUUUAUUUUAGCAAUUUCUUUUUCCACACUACUUUAUUAUCACGCGUCCUACUGAAUUCUGAAAAUACCUCCGUUCGGAUUAUAUAGUCUGAAUGAUUUUUUGAAGGUUUUCAUAUUAUAAAAUUUGAAACCUCUAAAAAUCCAGAAAAAAUACAGAAUUUUGCACUGAUUCAUCCAAAACGUGUAAAUGUACAGUUUGAAAAAUACUAUCUGAAAACUCUAAUAAUAUUUCAUAUUACAUAUUCAGAAUUGUGUCAAACUCCCAAAAGACCAUUUCAAAGAUAAAUUACAGUGUAUGAUAAUGAAAUUUAACCAACAGGUUAACAAAAUCGCAAUGAGAAGACACAAAGCAGAAUUGAAUCAAAGAAAUUGAGAUGGAGGAAAGACCCAAUCCAAGAAGAAGACAGCAAAGAAAAUUGAAUGUAUUUUCUAUAGAAAGUGAAUAGAGAGAAAGAAAAAAAAAAAAAAAAAAAAAAAAGCUAGAAUGCAAAAGAAAGGGGAAAAAGAGAAAAUUGGAUUUUCUCAAGAAAAUGCAGCGGAAAAUAUCUUUUAAGGUGGAUACCAGAUUAGCUCUUAUACCAUGUUAUAAAACAUGAUAUACAUAGAAGGAACAAGAGAAAACUCAAAAAAUCUUUCUAUUUAUGAUAAAUGUAAAUGUUACAAAUGAUAAGAGAGACAUCUCAAAAAAGAGAAUAGAUGGACUAGUGAGUAAAUGAAAUAAUAGCAUAGUGGAUAUUUUUCCUUAAAAAAAAGCAUAGUGGAUAUUUUCUUAUUAAUCAAAGUUUUCCUUAAUCUGAACUUUGUUUUAGGAGACCUUAAUUUGUACUUAUAAAACUAUUUUGAAAGACAUGUAUUUUGAAGAGAGGGAGUAGGUGAUAAUGUAAGCAUUGAAUGCAGUUUGAACAAGUCAAAGACAAAGUGUGUUUGGUGGGGAAUGUAAUGUUAUGAGGGAAUUCAAAUAUUUUGCGGUGAAUUUUAUGUUUGGAUAAUAAUUUGAAGAAUUUUCAAAAUGAUGGGAAUUUAUGAAGUAUUUUGUUCAAGUUCAAUUUAAAGAAUUUCAAAUGACACCUCAAUUUAGGUGAAUUUCAAAUGAUUGAAAUUUGACCUCAAUUUUUUCAAAAUUUUCAAUUUGACCUCAAUAAAUUUCCAAAAAAUUAUAAAUUGACCCCUUAAAUUUUUCAAAAAUUAUAAUUUGACCCCUCAAAAAUUUUUAAAUUUACAAAUUGACCCCUAAUUUUAAUUUUCAAAUUUGGCCCAAAAUUUAUAAAAUUUAUAGAAAUUUUUUAUUACUCCACCCAAACAAAAGUAUUGAAAAAUGAAAGAAAUUUAAUCGAAUCAUUUAAAUUGCCUAAAAUUUAAAUUCUUUAAAAUUGUAUAAAAAUACUUGUACAAAUAUAAUUUCUUUAGACGUUAUUGAGGUUCACAUUAUUCAUCUAUGUAGCAACCAAUUUUGAUGUCUUUGAGACAAUUACAUAACAUGAGUACCAUUGAAACUCUCUUUUAAACUCUCUCUAACACUCACUAUUUUAUUUAAUGAGAUCGAUAUGUGUUCUACACUUUAAAAAUAGGUCAUACCUAAAUGGCGAAAAAAACUCGUGAGUUUCACAAAAUAAAAGAGUGAAUGUUGAAAAGAUAGUGUUCCAAAAACUUCUCAUUAAAUAACACCUUACAAAAUCUAAAUCAAAGUUAUUAUAGAGGCUCAAUCAAAACUCAUCCCAACAAUUGUACAAUCCAGUAGUAUCUAAUAAAUGUGUGAUGUAAAACUAGAUUGUUUAUUGGUGUUCAAGUAUGAAAACAAAGAAAAUGAGACAAAGAAAGUCAAUAAUGGACCCACAAUGAUAAAUUUGUGAUUGAAAAUCUGUGUCCUACAAACAUCCCAAUCUCCUAAUCCUAAUGGAACCUUGCAAGUUGCAUCAAUUAUUGAAUUUUGUAUAUACCAAUUACAUUUUUUCUCACCGUUCUUCUUUUUACUACAACACUUCUCAUAUUUUCAACUCUUUCUUUUCUGAAAAAAAAAUGGCUGAAGCUUUACUUGGUGUUGUGUUUGAAAAUCUACUAUCUCUUGUUCAAAAUGAAUUUGCAACCAUUUCUGGAAUCAAGUCCAAGGCUCUAAAGCUAUCAACCACCUUAGAUUUGAUCAAGGCCGUUCUUGAAGAUGCUGAGAAGAAACAAAUAACAGACCGCUCUAUAAAGGUAUGGCUUCAACAACUCAAAGAUGCAAUCUACAUACUAGAUGAUAUUCUUGAUGAGUGUUCCAUUCAAUCCACUCGACAAAAGGGCAUAUCUUCUUUUACAUUAAAGAAUAUCAUGUUUCGCCAUAAAAUUGGCACUAGGUUUAAAGAAAUUACAAACAGAUUCGAUGAUAUUGCUGAAAGUAAAAACAAGUUUCUUCUACAAGAAUGUGUUGCUGUUAGGGAAAGGUCAAUCAAUGUGGCUGAAUGGCGUCAAACUAGCUCUAUUAUUGCUGAACCAAAAGUAUAUGGUCGAGAAGAUGAUAAAGAGAAGAUUGUCGAGUUUCUUCUCACCCAAGCAAAGGGCUCUGACCUCCUUUCCAUCUAUCCAAUUGUUGGCUUAGGUGGUAUUGGGAAAACAACUCUUGCUCAAUUAGUUUAUAAUGAUCACCGGGUGAGUGACAAUUUUGAUACAAAAAUUUGGGUUUGUGUUUCUGAGGCUUUCUCUGUUAACAAAAUUUUGUGUACUAUUAUAGAAUCUUUUUCAAGAGAAAAGUGUGAUGCCUUAGAUUUAGAUGUUAUACAACGACAAGUGCAAGAAUUGUUGGAAGGUAAAAGAUAUUUGCUUGUUUUGGAUGAUGUGUGGAACAGAAAUCAAGAACUGGAAUUUGGAUUAAGCCAAGAGAAAUGGAAUAAGUUGAAAUCCGUGUUGUCAACUGGAUCCAAAGGUUCAUCCAUUUUAGUCUCCACUCGUGAUAAGGAUGUUGCUGAGAUCAUGGGAACAUGCCAAGCUCAUCAUUUGUCUGGUCUAUCUGAAUAUGAAUGUUGGUUGUUGUUCAAACAAUAUGCAUUUCGACAUGAUAGAGAGCAGCAGACUGAGCUUGUCACAAUAGGAAAAGAGAUAGUAAAGAAGUGUGGGGGAUUGCCUCUUGCAGCACAAGCAUUGGGAGGCCUAAUGUGCUCAAGGAGUGGAGAAAAAGAAUGGCUUGAAAUUAAAGAUAGCAGGAUUUGGUCUUUACCGAAUGAGAAUUCUAUUUUGCCUGCUUUAAGGUUGAGCUACUUUCAUUUAAACCCAACCUUAAAACAAUGUUUCACUUUUUGUGCCAUGUUUCCCAAAGAUAUAGAAAUCAUGAAGGGAGAUUUAAUUCAUCUCUGGAUCGCCAACGGAUUUAUAUCAUCAAGGGAAAAUUUAGAGGUAGAAGAUGUUGGAAAUAUGAUUUGGAAUGAAUUGUGCCAAAAGUCAUUUUUCCAAGAAAUCAAGAUGGUCGAUGAUUCAGGAGGCAUUUCUUUCAAGUUGCAUGAUCUUGUCCAUGAUCUUGCUCAAUCAAUUAUAGGAUCGGAGUGUUUGAUUUUGGACAAUACAAACAUAACUGACCUGUCAAGAAGCACACACCAUAUUGGUUUAGUAUCUGCAACACCGUCAUUAUUUGACAAGGGUGCUUUCACAAAAGUUGAAUCGUUGCGAACAUUGUUUCAGAUAGGUUUUUACACCACAAGAUUUUAUGAUUACUUCCCAACCUCUAUACGGGUUUUACGCACAAACUCUUCCAAUUUAUCAUCGCUAAGUAAUUUAAUUCAUUUGAGGUACUUGGAGCUGUUCGAUUUCCAUGACAUAAAAACCCUACCUGACUCAAUUUAUAGCUUGCGUAAUUUGGAAAUCUUGAAACUGAAACAUUUUUCUAAACUUCGUUGUCUACCGGAACACUUGACUUGCUUACAAAAUCUCAGACAUCUUGUUAUUGAAAAUUGUGAUGCAUUGUCCCGUGUGUUCCCUAACAUUGGUAAAUUAUCUUCCCUAAGAACAUUAAGUAAACACAUUGUCCGUUUAGAGAUUGGAUACAGCUUGGCAGAAUUACAUGAUCUAAAGCUAGGGGGAAAACUAAGCAUUACUUGCCUAGAAAAUGUUGGAAGUUUGUCUGAAGCUCGAGAAGCCAAUCUGAUAGAUAAAAAAGAACUUCAGGAAAUAUGCUUCUCAUGGAACAACAGGCGUAAAACCAAGACACCUGCUACUAGCACCGAGGAAAUACUUGAAGUGCUUCAACCUCACUCAAAUCUCAAGAUCUUGAAAAUACAUGGCUAUGACGGAUUGCACCUCCCAUGUUGGAUCCAAAUUCAAAGUAGUUUAGCUGUUCUUAGACUUUCUUAUUGCAAAAACUGUGUGCGGCUUCCAUCACUUGCUAAAUUACCAUCUCUCAAAAAACUCCAAUUAUGGUAUAUGGAUAAUGUGCAGUAUGUGGAUGAUGAAGAAUCAAGCGAUGGUGUGGAGGUUAGGGGUUUCCCAUCUCUGGAGGAGCUGCUUUUAGGUAAUUUACCUAACUUGGAACGGUUGUUGAAAGUGGAAACAGGGGAGAUUUUUCCCCGCCUUUCUAAGUUGGCCAUCGUUGGUUGCCCUAAACUUGGGUUGCCACACCUUUCAUCGUUUAAAGAACUCAUUGUAGAUGGAUGUAACAAUGAGUUGCUGGAGUCAAUCUCUAGUUUCUACGGCCUAACUACCCUUGAGAUUAAUAGAGGUGAAGAUGUGACAUAUUUUCCAAAAGGGAUGUUGAAAAACCUGACCUGUCUUCGAACUUUGGAAAUAUCUGAUUUCCCAAAAGUGAAAGCAUUGCCAAGUGAAGCCUUCAACCUAGCUUUGGAGCAUCUUGGUAUCCAUCACUGUUGUGAGCUUGACUCAUUACCAGAACAACUUUUUGAAGGUCUACGAUCCCUUCGAACCAUGGAGAUUGCUUUCUGUGAAAGAUUGAGAUGCUUGCCAGAAGGUAUUCGCCACCUCACAUCACUUGAGGUUCUGACAGUUUAUGGUUGCCCAGCUGUAGCAGAGCGAUGUAAGGAAGAAAUAGGAGAGGACUGGGACAUGAUAGAACACAUUCCAAAAUUAUCUAUUAAUUAGAUUGAAGAAGAAGAAACUUUUGACCAACAUUGAUUCCAUUACAAUAUGCCAAAUAAUAUAGAAUCAUUUGUAUAUUAAGACCAUGUAUAUUCCAAUCACUGCAAUAUUCCAAAUAAUAUAGUUGAUGGCUACUUUGGGAGUGCGACAAGUUUUUAAAAUGACAAUUGGUUUUCUUUUUCAAACAUUAUCGUUAUUAAUUACCUUAUUUGCUAAUUCUGAACUAUAGUUUCUAUAAUGUCAGGUGCUGGUUAUGUUAGACAUUAGUAAGGGAACAUUAAGUUCACUAUAAAUACAAUUUUUAUACAACAAGAUCAGAUGAAAUUUUCAUGAAAGGGUUAACUUGAGAAUAACCGUACAAUCUAAUUACAUCAUAAAUAUAUACAUGAAAAUAGAGAAUAUUUACAUUUACAUAGAAGAAAAUAAAGGAAAUAACAUCUCAAUAAAUAUAAAUGAAGUAUUUUAAUGAUUGUGUCAUAUCUCAGUAGCUACAUUUCAACAAAAGUACAAGUAUAUAUAUUCUACUUUUUGAAACACUUUUUGAAUUACAUUCUUAGAUACAGAAUCAAAGACUCUUUAGAGAUCAAUGAUGAAAAACCUAGAACCUAAUGAUCUUGAUCAUUGGCUAGUAGAAGUCAUUGUUAAUGUUUAUGACCAACAUUUACAAACUAAAUCUAUUCUUUUCUAUGCAAAUAUCUCAGUAUAAGGUUAGAGUUAUACAUGGUAAACCAUACCGACUUCUAGCAAAGAAGUAUGAACUACUUCCAACAUAAUAUCAGGUUCUCUGCAAUUUUUGCUUAGAAAAGCAUAAACAACAUCUAUUCCAAAUUUCUUUAAAAUGGAAGAUGAUUUUUUUGCCUCUGCAUAGGAAUGCCCAACUAUAUAAGUAAUACCUGAUUCUUUGGCUUUUAAAAUCUGCAAUGACUCGACUUUAUAGGACUCGUCUUGAAGUUGUUGGCCGUCACAUGAAAAUGCUAAAGAAUUCUUUUCAGAAUGUGACCAAUUCAAUUUCAAAGUGUGUUGUGAAGCACCAAGAUCUUCCGCAUUUAAGUUUCUUCCAUCAUCUAUAGUCAAUUCAUUUGUUUGUUCUUGAACACAGUCUUCUGAUUCUAUAAACUGUAUUAUUGCAGAUACCAAUUUAUUAUCAAAAUUGUAAUUCUCUUGUUGUAUGUCUUUGUAACCGUAUCGGACAAUGCACCGAAACAUGUAGAACUCCUUCGGACCAAUCCUGCUGAUGACUAAUCUUUCACUUUCACUGACAUAAGGAACUUGAACUGAUUUAGCACAUACAAAAACUAACACCUGAUGGAAUGCUGGUAAAUUUGUAAUAAAAUGACCAAAAAUAGCCGGGAUACCGGAAGCAAGAUUAGUGAAAAUGAGACCGAUUCCUGGGACACGGACCAUGCCUAAACAAGGUCCUAAUGAUAACAUCUUGCUCAUCGAGACCUUGUUUUCAACAUCAAAUUUGUGUUUCUUCAUUGUUCCAUAAUUCCAUGUGAACAUUAUGGCCAUAAAAAUGAAAGAGAGCGAAAUUGGGAUCCAUCCUCCUUCAGGGAUUUUGCAGACAGAAGCUGAGAUGUAAAGAAGUUCAAUAGAUCCAAACAAUAGGAAACAUGUAAGUGCUUUUAUUAUCCCUUGUUUCCAAACAAUUAUAAUUAUUAGCGUCAUCAAACAUGUUGUCACAAACAUAACAGUGGUGAUAGCCAACCCUGGAAACCAAGAAAAAUAGUUUAAAUUUAGUUUUCAAUACUUCAAGUAUCAUAUAAUAAGUAAACUUAAGAGUAAACAGUCAUUUUCCCUAAAUGUAUGAAGCUUAAUCACAAUAGCAACGAUUGUAUCCGAAUUACAAAAUUAUCCCUAAAGCGUCUUUUGUCUGUAAUUUUAUGGACCAAAUUGACUACUUGAUGAUAGAUUCUAGAACUAUACUAAUUAAUGGAAGAUACAUUUGAUGAUGAAACGGACUAAUGAAAGACAAGUUUAUGUAGUUUUUUAUUUUAUUUUUAUAAUUUGAUACAUUAGAGACUAUUGUGACAUCGCCUCACAUAUUUUAGGAUAAAAAUGAUUGAUUAAUCUAAACACAAUGGAAAAGGAUAUCAUACCAUAUGCAUGACCCAUCAUGUUUGUAUCCCUAAGGCCAAUUGUGACAGCUAAACAAAGGCACAUUAAUAUCCAAUUGACUUCUGGAACAUAAAUCUGUCCAUAUAUUUUGCUAGAAGUAUGAACAAUCUUGACUCGAGGAAAACAAUUUAAUGCACAGCAUUGGCUUAUGAUGGAAAAAGUUGCAGAAAUCACUGCUUGACUUCCUACAACAGCAGCAAAAGUGGCCACUAUAAAAACUGGCCAAAAUACAGCUUCUGCAGAAAAAUAGUAGCACUGUUACCCUAGAGUUAUCAUAAAUAAUAUCGAUAUAUUUGUGGUUUAUUAAAGUGAAUUCUUGCCUGGUAUGGCUUUGUAGAAACUUCUCUCAAUGUCAUAAUGGUGCUUAGAGAGAAAUGCAGCCUCACCCAUAUAUGCCAAAAUCAGGCAGGGAUAUACUAAACAUGUGAAAGCUAUCUGAGAUUUACGUGUAACUGUUAAAUCAGAUUUCAUUUUUGUAUGCUAAACUAAUAUACUUGUGAUCAAUAUUGUUAAUUAUUGUAUACUUUUAAUUUACCUUUAUUGAGAGUGCAGAAAAAUGACCCAUGUCAGCAUACAUUGUCUCCACACCUGCGACAGUAUCACGUAGGAAAAUUAAUCUCAUAGCUCUUUAGCUGCAAGAGAAAUGAUAUUUUGUACAACCAAAUUUAGACAAUUUUUGUGACUUUUUUUAAGUGUUCAAAUAGGUGAUUAAUUACGUUUAGUAUAUGAUUAAUAGAUAUAUCAGGUGUCAAAACUUAUUAACCACCAACAUAACUUCAUCAACCACAAAUUUGGAAGUGGUUAGCCAUAAUUUUCAGUUAAGUACAUACAAAUUUAUGGUUAAUGCUGUUACAUUGAUAGUCAAUGAGUUUUCACAUAUAGUAUAUCCAUGAACCACCUACUGAACGCAAUUAACCACUUAUUUGAAGUGUGUUAACCACUUAAAAAGUUGUUGCGAAAAUUGUCUGAAUUUGGUUGUUCAAAUAACACAAGCUAGACAACUGUAAUAAAAUUGACUAACUUAUAUUACCUGUUAUCGAAAGCACAACUCCACUUAAUGACAACCAUCCUUCGAUGCCAGUGGUUUUGAGAAACCUAAACAUAUAGACUGGAGAAAGUGCACGAUAUACUUGUCGGUUCCAUUGGAAAAUAUUGUAUAUACCAAUACCACUGAUACACAAAAGCCAUGCUGCAACAACUGGGGCAAACAUGAAGGCAACUCUAUGUGUUCCAUGAUGCUGAAUGGAGAAAAGGCCAACUAAAAUGAUACAUGAGACUAUAACAACAUAAUCUGCGCAAUACAUAGUGUAGAGUUUCAAAAUUAUGCAUUGAAUAGACAUAAUGGUAAUGAUCGAAGUUCGGUUGGCUUACUGUCAUGGAGUUGGUUGAUCUUAACUUGAACUCCUGAAACUGCUGAAAAUACUGAAAUGAGACAUGAGAAGGAUGGUCAUAGAUCGAAAAGGAUAAACAGUACAAUUAUUUAUUCUCUGUAAACACCGAAAUACUAUAAUGAUCAACUCUUGAAUCAGUAUAUUCUCUGUAAACAGUACAGUUAUUUAUUCUGAAAUGUACUUUUGUCUAAUCACAUUAAUGAUGAAUAAUGAAUUCUAGCAAUUAGUAAUCAGCUAAAGCUAUAAUUUAAGGAAUGCAUGUGUGUAUCUGUGACAUUGCCAAUGUUGUAUAACAUAGUUCAUUUUGGUUCAAAUAUUAUGUUUAGUCCCUGCAAAAUCAAAUGUUGUCAGUUCAAAUAUUAUGUUUAAAAAAGCUGAUGUUGUGGACCGAGGUACACACCAUCAUUUCCAUGUAGAUGACAAUGCCACAUGUCAACACCACAUUGGAUGAUAGUGACAUAUAGCAUGGCCACACGAAGCUGAUAUGCCAUGUCUAACUCCUCGUUUUUACUGACGUGUUCUAUUAGUGUUUGAUGUGUGUCACUAUUAUCCAAUGUGGUGUUGAAACAUGACAUAGUCAUCCUACAUGGGAAGGAUGUCAUUUAGUCGUAUUUGCCACAUCAGAUAUUUUAAAUAGAAAGUUGACACUACGGACAAAAAACAAAUACAUGAUUCUGUAAGGAUGAAAAGAAAGAGAAAGAAAAAAAAAAGGUAUUUAUAGGGACUAAAACCAAAAUUUGCUCUAUUUAUGGGGACAGAACACAUAUUCAAACCAUUCUGUUUUUUAUAAGACCAAACUCCCUUUUACUUGUACAACAAGUAACCCAUAGAUUAACAGAAGGGAUGCUCCUGAUCAAAGUACCUGAUAUUGCAGGAGUAAUCACACCAUCACCAAUUGUCAUGCAAGUUCCCAACAAAACAAAGAUUAACAGUCCUUUCUGGAAUCUAGGAUGCUUUUCAAAGAACAGCUUCAAAAGAGAAGAUUGCCAUGUAUCGGCAGAAUCUUCUGUUGAAUAAGCAGAUAAAGUCUCAUCUGUUGGUUGCUGAUUAGGCAAAAUGCUUAGUCUUGCAUGUCUGCAGAGAAGUGAGUAUAAUGCAAAUGUGCCUCCUGCAGUAAAAUAAGGAACAUAAGAAAGAAAUUCUUAGAUGCUCAUGAACCAAAGAGAUUGAUCUUGAUUUCUACCAAUGGUUUCUUAUAUAACAAAAUUAUAACAAUGUGUUCCCUUUUUAUUUUUUGUUUUAAAAUAGUCCCUUAUUUUACAAAUGUUACAUUAAAUUUAUCCAUUUUAAAUUUUAAAACUAUCCAUUAUUGUCCCAUAAGUCCUAGCUCAACCGGUGAAAAUGCCGAAAUUGUUAGGCCGGACAUCAUGAUCGAGAUUCGAACCCCGGCACCUCCACUUUGUGUGUGUGAGUUUACGAUGGCUUUACCAUUUCUUCUAUCUACCAAAAAAAAAACUACUCAUUAUUUUGUAAAAGCUAUACCAAGGUGGUCCUCUCUGUAAAACAAAGAACAAUUUCAUUACCAAAAAUACCAAAAGAAAAUUGAAAUCUAAAAUAAAGAUAAGGAACCAAAAUUAUUUAGUCUAAAAUUAAUCUUCAAAUAUUUAUCUGUUAAUUAAGUAAUCAUAGUAGACAUCAUGACAGAGAAGGAAAAUUAUGGCUCAAAAUAAUUAUAUAAAGUCAAAAAGAACAAAUAACAGAAUAUACAAUGCUUCUGAGUUCUGUCAUCAUUUUAUUCAUUUGGUAAAGCCAAAAAAACAUCCAAAUAUCCUUUAUGGGAGUUUUGGCUGAAUAAUAAUGUGAUUAUAAAAAUAAUUGAGUUGACUUAAUCAACUUAAAAGCCAAAGGAACUGAAAAGAUACACACCAAAAGUACCAACAUCAAUGAUUGAAGAUUGUACCUUCUCCAUUAUCAUCAGCAGACAUGACAAUGAAAACAUAUUUGAAGAGAGCAAUAAUAGUAAAUGUCCAAAAGAUAAAUGAAAGCACUCCAAAAAUUUCUUCAUCAUCUUCUUUAAGGCUCAAUUUCCCUGAGAAUGAGGUCUUGUAUACAUAAAGAGGAGAAGUACUUAGGUCACCAUAAACUACUCCAAGACUUUGGUAUGCUAGAGUCAGCACAUUUAAACAAGAUGUCCUCUUUAAAUUCUGAUACAUGAAAUGAAACCAAGCAUAAGCUUUUAUAUGACAAAUUUCAUAUAUGAAAUGCAAAAAAAUGAGUACCUGGUGAGAUAUUCCUUGUUCUACAAUUUGCUCAGAAGGAUUCAUUGUUGAAACAUAUAUAGAAAAUGAGGUAAGUUAUGAAGAGAAUGAUGAGAUAGAGAAAUAUAUAGAAAAUGAGUAAUGGAAGAAGUGAAGUAGUAACAAGGCAAGUGGUGUGUGUGUCCAAAGAAGUUAUAAAAUGCAUUCAAUGCUCUUUUAACUUUCUUUUGUUGGACUUCAUUAACCAACCUAACACCUUCCCCUUACUAGUGGUAAACAACUUUUUCUUAACUAUUUCUUUCUGUUCAAAUAGUAUUUUUUCAAAACUAAUGUACAGUGUUGAAUUGAAUUUGGAUAAAGUAGAUGUUACUGAUUUCAAUUAUAAGUAACUUAUUGUCAUAUGAGUAGAGAUAUAAACGAUGAUUUAUAUAUUUUCAGAUUUUAAGUUUUUAAAAAAUAAAACUGUUUUUCCCUUUAUGUCCUUUGUGCAUAAGAUUGAUUUUUCUAUUUUUGUUUCAAUUUUCGAGUUUUACAUGGAAAGUAGUCGGAAUUAGGUCAAAAACUAAAUAAAGUCGGACUAAAAAUUAUUCCCGCUAACAAUUGAACUCGAAUUCUCUUAAUUCAUCCUUAACUAAAACUCAUUUAAUACUUGAACCAAAUUCCCAGGACUUUAAACAAUGGAUUGGAAGUCAACAAUGGGCCAUGUUGUUUGGUACUCAUUUAUAUUGUGUGAUUUGGUAAAUACCUCUUUCCUUAUUCAUGUGUCAAGUAAUUAGUCUCUAAAAGCAAACCGUUCCUUAAAAUGGUCACUGAAACAGGAUUGGAAAAAAGUUUUCAUAAAAAAUUGCAAACAUAAAAAGAAAAUCCGAGCAUAAAGGGCUAGGAUUCUAACCCUGAAAAUGAUGUGAAUUUGUCUCCUUGUCGUCUAACAAUACAAAUUUCAAACCCCCACGGUACAUUUGUAAAAUAGUUGUAAAAUAAUUAUUAAUGUCACUUUAAUUAAUAAAAAUAUACAUUUCUCAAUUUUUUUAAAUGUCUUAAAUUGAAAUAUUAUGUUAAAAUUUAAUACGAUGCACUAAAAAAUUUCAUAAAAAUGAAAAUAUUAAAUAAUAUCGAACAUUUUUUUUCCUCAAACAUGAUUGAUCACCAUCUUAUUAUAUUACAAAAGUGGGACAUAUUGGUAGCUAAAUAUAAACAUUGCACUAUAUGAAUGUCUGGUUUUCAUUGACCUUUAUUACAUCCAAUUGAGGAAAGAACCAAAUUUUCCACCAAACAAAGGUAUGUGAUUGAAGCCUUUUUUCUUUCUUUAAUUUCAUAAUCCUAUGCAAAGUUCCUUCCACAAUGGAAAUUCACUUAGGGCACCAUGUUUUAUUUAAAGAACAAAGUAUGGUGAACCUGAAUUAGGCACCCAUAGUAUGGUGUUAAUUAAUAAAUUACCAAACAAUAAAGAUACUAUGAAGACUUCAUAGUAUUACAUUACUUUGUCUUGCAAAUUGUAUACUUCUUUUUAGGUAGUUGAUGUUCCCAUCUUUGUGUGGGUUAAUUAUAAUAUUGACGGUUCAACAAUAAUAAAAAUAAUUAAAUAUGUAAUCCACUAUACAACCAAACUGCGGGUGAGUUAAAAAUAGUUUUUAGAAGAUCAAAUAUCACUUAUGUUAAUCUUUCUCUCACUCACGUGCAAUUCACAUGCUACUUAAUCUAAUCCCAAUCCAUGAUACACUUUAUUAUAUAUUUACUUCAGAUGUGUUAUGAAGUCGUAAUAGGAUAAUGUUUGUAUUCGAUUAAUACUUUUACACUAUGUUUAUUUUUAAGAAAAGAUCAUGAGGAGGAGAGAAAGUUGAGGGAAAGAAGCGGUUUUUAUUAUUUGGAAAACUCUGAAAAGGUUAAGGAAAGAAAGAAUUAGCUUAUUAAAAAGUUUUCCUCACAAAAAUGGAUAGAAAGGUUGAAAAACAUCCUCAUAGCUCAGUUGGUAGGGAUAUUGCAUAUUAUAUGCAGGGGUCGGGAUUUCAACCUCAGACACUUCACUUCUCCACGAUUAAAUUGUGUAAGCUCUAGCCGCUAGGUUACUUGACAAAAAAAAAAAAAAAAAGUUGAGAAACACUCAUAUUUAUUUUUUAUUUUUCAAUUUACCAUCUUAUUUUUUAUUGUCUCACAAUUGCAUUGCUCCAAUGCUCACUACUACACUUUCUUUUUCCAUGGAUAUUGUAUGUAGACAGAAAAGUAUGCUUAUAUUGUUAUAAUAUUUAUUUAUUUGUGUGUGUAUAUAUAUGAAUAACUUUUCAGGUAUUUAUGUCAAUUAUUAAAUAUAGAUUUUUCUUUCCUCUAACACUUUCUCUUCUUAUACUAAACAACUAAAAUAAUUCCUUACUUUCUACUCUUUUUCUUUCUUCAUGUAAUCUUUCCUUUCACUUUCAUUCUCCAACCAAAUAAAGCCUUAGUUUUUUAGUUUUAAAUUGAUUUUUUAUCUGUAAAAAUGUGCACCACGUUAAAUUGGUUUUUAGUUUUAAGUCAUAAAAUAUAUGCAUCAUUGCGUUAUUUCCAUCAAAUCAAGUUAAAAAACUGCAUACGUUGUGCUUAUUGUUGAGUUGGUGUAUUCAAAUGUGAGUAGUCAAUACAUGUGUUCAAAUACAAGGAGGCUCAUUAAUCUCUAAUCCUCGUCGAAGGCGCACCACAUCAUACCUCAUGCACGCCUCACCGCACAGGUGUGUUGGAUCAAUCUCUAACGACUUCAUAACAUGCCAGGUUUAUAAGAGACAACUACAACAUCCCCAAUUAUAUAAGUGUGGCUUCACGCCACACCGAAGCUGCAUUCAUAUUUUUACCAUAUUUCUACUCAUUUUUUCUUUCUUAGUCACAUAGUGACUUAGCGUCGGAGUAUUAACAUGUUUUAUAAGUUCCGUUCACUUCAUCAAAGAAUCCCCUGCAUCAUAUCGAAGAACAUCUUUUAUCUCAUCGAAAAUUGUCUUGUACAAGCACAAACACCAAUUACUUGCACAAUCUUUUCGUUGUGGAAAAAAUUAUAGUUCUUGUGAAUAAUUUUGAAACCUAGUGAUUCAUAAGGUUAUCCACUCUCAAUCAAGUCUCAACAACCAAAUUAUUGAUUUUCUCCUUUUAAAUGUAAGUCUAACCGUACAUCAAUUAUGGCUCGUACAUUGCAUGUUUGAAGAGUAAGAGAUGAGAUUUUUUUUUUUUUAUUUGGAAUGUGAGAGUUUCAACUUUCAAUUAUGAAAUUCCAUAAUUUAAAAUUUUGAGAAAAAAAAAUCAAAAAAUAGAAUAAGAGUAUCUAAGUGAUUUGACACAAUUGAUUGUGUUUUACCUAAGAUGGAAGUAUUCAGAGUGAUAAUUGAAACAAUUCUUAACCCUUUUUACGUACUCUCUAACCGAAAUUCAAAUUAAUCAAGUCUUAGCUUUUCAAUAGAAAUUGAAGGAUUACAACAAAAAAAUGAAAAUUAGAAAAGAUAAUUUUAAGAAAAAAACUUAUAACCCUUCGAAAAAUAAAAACUAUAAACUCAUAAGUGUUUGAUUUCUUGCUCAUGCAAACAUAACCAUAUAGGAUAAACAAAUAGAAAUGGUAAAUAUCUAAUGGUAACAUUUUUCUUUCCGGCAACUACACUGAGAGCAUCAAUAUCAAGACUUUAGCACAUAAGAAGCAUCCAACUCAAAAGAUUCGUCUAAUCAUCCAUAAUGCGAGAGUCUUUUAACUUAAGUAUCACAUUAAAUAUUUUUAUUUACUCAAUAUAAAACUCCUAUUAUAUUUAUGUUCGGAAAUAAUUUGAUGCAAACGGUAUUAAAUUGAAUGAAAAAGAACGAUGAUCGACGCCGACGAACCACUCACCAAUGGAACCGGCUAUGCCCCUGACUUUUCUCAAGAAACGAAUUAAAUGAAGGAACAAGUAAAAUUUGAACUCAAUGAAAUAGAAUUUUAAUUCAAUAAAAUAACAUUUUAAUUCUCCAUAGAAUCCUAAGGAAAAAUGAUGCACAUGUAUAAAUUUUGUGUAAAAAUAAAAUUAUUAAUUCUUCAUUUAAUGACAAAUUUACAGUAACUUUUCUUUGAAGGAAAAUUUACAGUAACUUAAAAUGUAGGAUAUAAUAUAAUGCAUAGCCAACUUCAAUAAAUGUAUCUCUCAAAAAAAAAAAACUUCAAUAAAUGUAUCAUCAUCCAUAGUUAAAUACAUAUUUGUUCCUUUUUUUUGAAUGAAUUGUUCCUAUGAGUAUGACCAAGAUUAAAAUGGACCAUCCUUUUUCUAGACCAUCCUUUUUCUAGAGAUGAUAUGAGGUCCUCCUUUUUUUUUAACCAAAACAAAGUUAACUAUUAUCAUUAAUCAAUCAAUGUUCAAUAUAAGAAGGAUAAGAAUAAAAAAUACGGUGACUAACCCAAAAACAGACCGCCUUAGCUAAAAUAUGAACAACCAUGUUCGCUUGUCUUCUAACAAAUUUCACCUCAAAAUUAAAAUAUAAAGAUAACUGAUAAAUAAUACUAAAAACAAUAGCAUCAUACGAGGUCCUCCUAAGUUGGCAAAAAUUGUGAAAUGAAAAGGGAUAUAGGUAGAAACAAUUGUUGGGUCAACAAAUGUUAGAGACAACUGUAUGGAAGGUAUGCUUUCUACAUCACACAUUAAUGAUUGGUCCCUCCUUCAAUUCCUUUCAUUCAAUCAGCUCUAUAUACCUUCAAAAAUCAAAAGAUGGUGCACGAGUGAAGUUGACUAGACCUUUCAACUUUAUCCAAAAGAAGAGACAAUAGUCAUGCUUUUGAUGCAGCCUUCUGCCCAUAAAACCAUACCAUAUUUCCUACUCACUAUAUAGAUUCAAGUUGAAGUAUUUUUUCAAUAAUCAAAUCUCUAACCGUUAGAAAGAUAAUUCUCAUAAUAUUUGGAUGGAUAUUUUUCAUAAAAGUUGGAUAUGCACGUGUUAAAGGAACUAAAAAUAGUAAUUUAUAUUAAAAAAGAACAAUUAUUUAUUAAAAAGUUUCAGAGUAUUUAAUAUAAAAUGCACAAGUUCCGAUACAAUCUUACUAUUUUAAACUUUUUAACAUGUGCAAAUAGAAAAACCCAUUUUAAAAGAGCAAUGAUAUUUGUACAUCCAUUCCAUGACAAUUUUAGUGACAACUUUGUUUUUCUCUCUUCUUAUUGGUCAAAAACAAUGGAGAGAGAAAAAGGAAGAGAGAUGAUAAGACCAUCAUGUGAGUAUGAGAGAGAAAGUUGUACAAAAGUUGUCACAAAUUGGUUGUACAAAUAUCAUUUCUCAUUUUAAAAUAACUAUGACACAUGGAAAGAGUUGUCGUUAGUAAAAAAUCCAACAAUAUUUAUUAGGGUUAAUUAAGUUUUUGGUCCCUAUAAAUAUUUGAAGUUUCGUUUUUAGUCCCUAUAAAAAUAAAUCACAUUUUUUAGUCCCUACAAAAUUUUAUGUUAUAGCAUGGGAGAAAAUAAUUAUAAAACAUGGGAGAAGUUGUCCAUGGUUAAAAUUUUAAAAUAUUUAUUAUAAACGGGAAAAGUUGUCGCUGAUAGAAAUUUCAAAAUAGCUAUUAUAUAGAUAGGAUAAAAUGUCAUUGAUACAAAUUUUAAAAUAAAUGUCAUACACCAAAGAAGUGUUCAUUAUAAAAAUAUUAUUAUACAUAAGACAAGUUAUCGCUGAGUUAUCUUGAAAUAAUUAUUAUGCAUCGGAUAAGAUAUGGCUGAUACUAAUAUUCAUUGAAUUAACAUUUAUUUUUCACAACUUUUAUAUAUAUAUUGCAUGAGAAUGAGUAACUUAUGUGAGAAUGGUGAGAAUAAAUUGCAGUCAUCGGAUUAGAAGCAAUGGAUUAGAUUAAAACAUCACUUAAGUGACUCAUGUGCCAAGCAUGCGACCAUUCUCUUCCUCUUUUCCAUCAUUCACGCGUCCCUUAUUUUUCUUCUCCCUCUCUCCUGGGUUUGCGGUUCCAAAUUCCUUGACAUCUUUUGAUUAUUUCAUUUUUUUUUAACCUUGAAUUGUUAAAAAGAUGAACCUUAAAAAGAUUAAGGGAACAAGAACACAUGAAGGAACUCUUACUCUCCCAAAUUGAUAUUAUUAUUUUAAUUGAUAAAAUUUCACGAUUAUUUUUUCUAAUUAACCAAUUCACCUUCAUUCAUAUAUAAUAUGAUUUGUAACUCCAGUAUUACAGAUUUUAGAAGGGUUUUCUAUUGAAUUUGAGUCUGAAUCCAGAAACUUCAAUAACAUAUACGAUGCUCUCCUUGUGCCUGAACUGGUGGGGACGCUGCAAACGUGGUGGACAGUGAAGGCUGCGGGUUUCGUGUUAAUGAGGAUUGGCGUUGCCGGAAAAGAUGGUUGAAGUUGAAGAUGAAGGGAAGAAGAAAUUGUUGCAGCGUAUAAAGGAAGAAGAAGGGUUAACCAAAAAGUUGGAACGCAUGAGUGAAACUAAUGAGAAUGGCACAUGCUUGGCACAUGGGUCACUUAAGUGGUGUUUUAAUUUAAUCUAUUGCUUUUAAUCCGAUGGCUGCAAUUUAUUCUCAUCAUUCUCACAUAAGUUACACAUUUUCAUGUGAUAUGUCCCCUAUAAUAUAUAUAUAUAUAUAUAUUAUAGAUUGUUUGAGAAAGUUACACAUUCUUGAAGGAUUGUUUGAGAAAGUUACUGCUGAUGAUGUUGUUAAGAUCAAUCUUGGUUAUUGUUCUGUGGGAAACCGAAUUGGAAAAGAGUCUUAUGGAGAAACUUGAUAGGAAGAACAAAAGGAGAUGGAAGAGUGAGAGUCAUAGACUCAUAUAUAGUUAUUAACGUGGGAGAGAGAAUGAAAGAGAGUCACGUGCUAUGUAUUAAAUUAAAAUCUAAUCAAAACCGUAUAUUUAAUCUAAAGGCUGAUGUUUCAUCCUCUCACCCUCUCAUUUAAAAACUCCUCUCAACACCCUAUAUAUAUAUAUAUAAACUGAAAUAAAUCAUCUCCACCAAAGGUUGCUGCACGGGUAUCUUACUAGUUUUAAGGAUAAAACCUUUAACGUAACGACUAGAAAAGUUGCGGAAAAAUUCAACCAUAAAUAAACAACUGAAUUUUGAUAUACAAAGUGGAAUUUCUCAAAACAAUAGUGCUAUAAAUCGUGACAACCAUUCUUGCGAAUAUAUCACGAGCAACCAUUUCAUAUAAUUUUUUUUAAAGUCUUAGUUUUCUUUUUUAACCUUCUCUGCAGUAUAAGAUGGACUUGAAUCGGUACAUCAAAAUGUUGUUGUUUCAAAUACAGACGCCAUGAUUUAUGAAAUUAUAGAAAUUCUAACUCCAAACUGAAAUUUUGAAAAUUUGGAUGAUAAUUUGUCUAUAGAAGAAACAAAAAAAAAGGAUCAAAUGACAUAUAGAGGAAACAAUGUUAGCAUUUCAUGUAUUUUGUAAAUUUUGAUGUUUAAUUCAAUCUGCCCUGAAUUGGUUCAUCUUUUUUUUUUUUUUUUUGAAGGAUGGUUCAUCUUUAUUAUUUGAUAUUUGAGUAUGUCAUAUAUUUUGUAAAUUAUAGGAAGAAGAAGUAGAAAUCAUAGAUGAAAUGUAACGAUGCGACAAAGUUAGCUUAAAUGCAAUGACUAUAUUCCGGUAUAAAUGAUCCUAAAAUUUAUACCACUAAAGUAGUCUCACAUGACUAACACCCACAAAUAAAUCCUUUGGAUCCGUGGUUUCAACAUUGUGGAUCACCACUUGUGAUUCCAACAUUAUGAAAGUCACCUCGAUAUGCAUUCGUGAACAUAUAUUUUCAACCAAAACAUACAUGUAAAUCCAAAGAAUUUAACAUGAUAUCCAACAAUCAAUAAUUUUAUAACCGAGAAUAAGUAAGACAGAUAAUUUCACAACGCACAUGUCAAUUGACAAUACAUCCAUCUUGUACAUCCAUCCUUUGGUCUGCAGCGUUGAGCCUCUCCUUGGCUAAUUUUGCAGGUAGUAUGUGAGUUUCCCUCGUUGACGAGAUCGUGGUGGCCCACAUUCAGCUUUGAGUCUCCUUCACAACAUGAUUUGUUGACACGAUCUUUGAUGCGCAGCUCCACUGGAUACUUGUUUCUUCUCUUGUCCUUCUUUGUGGUUAAAUGGCACUACAAACACGAAACAAGGGUAUUAAUCAUCAUUGUCCAUUUCCACUUAGUCUUGACUCAAUCUGCGAUCCUUGCGACCACAUACUCGGUUAGUGGGCUCGAGAAAGAAUUAGCUUCCUUUGCACGGUUUUUCCAGAAUUCUCCUAACCUUUAGUCGGUUGGCGUUUCCAUCAACUAAAGUUUUUGGGUGAUAAAAUCUUAACCUCAAGUUACCACAUCAAAUUAUCAAAAAAAUUGGGUGAUGAAAUCUUUGACUCGAGUUACCACAUUAAAUUAUCAAAGUUUUUGGGUGAUAAAAUCUCUUACACAAUUGACAAAAUUUAAGGGACAUUUUGGCCACUCCACAUUUUUAAAGAAGAUGGAAUUUUUCUUUCGCAACAAUUACUCACACACACACACUAAAGAUUCAUCAUUAAGAAGUAUGAAAUGCAGCAAAAUAUCCCCUAGCCCUAUAAUUCAGCCAAAUCAAAAAGAAAAGAGGAAUAAAAAUGUUACCACUUCUUGAGCUCAAAACCAUCACAAGUCCAAGAGCUAACUUACUCUAUCAAAUGAUCUUAGACACACAAAAACCAAAUAAUGUUCUCAUUUGAAUCUACGAUUCUUAAAGGGUGACGUGUUUGAAUUUUGCAUAAAAGUUAAUAAUAUUAAAAUAAUCUCUAAAAAAAAUAGAAUUUUUAACAAAAUAUGAUUUUUUUUUAUAUUUUUAGCGGUUAAAAAUUCAUAUUUAUCCGUAUUUUGUUAAAAAAGAAGAAGAUAUUUUUACAAUAUUCUACACAUUUUUGUUUAAUUUCGUUAAAAAUACAAAAACUACAUAUUAGUUGACUUAAAAAUAGAGAUAAAAAAUGGUGAUUGAAAAUUGUAUAUGGAUUAACAGCUGAAGAAAUUUUUUAGAGGGAUUAAAGCAAAAAAUUGAUAUAUUUAUAUGAAAAAAAUAUAUAUUUAACCUUAUUUAAAAUGUAGUGUGUUUUAAUCAUUUUCAGGUUUCAUUUUUCUUCAACCAAUUCAAAAUAAGGGAAUUCUAAUUUGACUUUAGCACUAGUGUGAUUUGGCUUGUAGAUUAACUUCUACUAUAUGGUAAAAAGAGUUUACUAUAUGACUUUCCAUCAAUCCAAGCAUGCAUCAUCAUCAAUCAUGAACUUUUCUUCCUCUCUUAAGCUAAAUCAAAUGAACUUUUCUUCCUCUCUUGAGCUAAUAUUGAUGAAUUUGGCAUCCAACAAAUAUUGUACCUAUAGACUUUCUAUAGCCUAGAGGUUAUAUAGUCCUGGGUAACACCAAGAGCUAAUACACCUUGUCAUGUUGUUUACUUACAUGACACCAAAUUACAUACAUGAAUAUCAACAAAAUUUAAUGAUUAAUUACAAAACAUUAGUAUUUAAGUGGUUAAGUAUUACUGUAUUUUUUAAAUCAUUCGAAAUUCUAAAAUGUGAAUAAAAAAAUAUUAUAAUAAUCACUUUAUCAAAUUCAAUAUGAAUAAAAUGAUCAUUUAUGUGAAAUUGUUCUGAGAAGUUAAAAUUUCAAGUUGUUUAUAGAGAUGCACAAAGGAAAAUUUAUAUUGUCACUAGAUCACUUGUUUUAUUAUAUAUGAGUGUAUUCAAACGUCAACAUUUGAUGUAUUUUUUUCAUUACUCCAAAGAGUGCUCGUAAAUAAAUGACUUUGAAUAUCAAUUAUUAAGUUAUUUCUUUUAACGUUCAUUAUUUUUUAAUAAAAUAUAAGUUUGUUUUUUAAUAAAAGAUUUUUUUUUUUGAAACUCACUUAAAACUGAAAUCUAUUAAAACAGGGUUCCAUAAUAUAUAUGAAUCACUUCAAAAACAAUUUUGGUUUACAUUCAAUGUCAAAUUAUUUAGUAAAUCAAUAGGAAUUAUACAAUUAAUAUGAAUGAUAAUGUAGAAUAAUGAUAAGUGCUAGAAAGUAGUGAUUCAAUGUAUAUUUAAAGCACUUUUGUAAUUUGUUUCACAAGUUAUUUAGGGAAAAGCCGAGAGAAAAGUGAAUAAUUGCCCUAUUACGUUUUAUGUAUCUUACUUUAUUCAUUUGUGCAGGAAUUGAAUGUCAAGACACCAAGCAAAGAAGAAAAUCAAAGAAAAUGUACAUAGGUCAACUCACCAUGGCGAGUCAAGGGCGAGCCCAAGGCAAGCAGAGGCAGAGAGUUCCAGAGACCACUCGCCCCCAACUUGCAACGGCGAGUGGAAGGCGAGAAACCUCGCAAUGGCGAGCCCAGGGCGAGGAGGAACAGAGAGCAAAGGUUCAAAGUUCGCCAUGGCGAAUAAUAUACUCGCGAGGCGAGUUAAGGCGGCCAAAACUCCUCAGAGCUGACGUGGCAGAAACCCACUGGUGAAGAAACAUCAACUCGCCAUGGCGAGCAUAGACUCGCGAGGCGAGUUGAAUCAAAACAGGAAAAGUAUAAAAACCCAUUCAGUCAUUUCAGUUAUGAGAUUAUUACUUCCUUAGAGAGAGAAUAGGGUGAAAAUUCACCGUUUUCAUAGAGCAAGAGUGAGUGAGUGUGGAUUCAUCAAGAUUUGUUGAGAAAUCAAUCUCUUAUCAUUGAUCUUCAUAUUUCCUACCACUUUUGUAAUGUUCUCAAGACAAUGAUGAAUUAAAUCUCCUUAGUUUGGAUUAGAGGUACUUUAUUAAGUUGAUAAUGUAAUCUUUUGAUCUUGCAAAUAUAUGAUUCUAGCAAUUUACAUGAUAUUGAUGAUAUUCUUGUAUUUCAUUCCUUAUCUUUGAUUUAGAUGCUAUUUAGAAAUACUUUUGAAUCUGGGUUUAGAAUAUUUAUCUAUCAAAACAAUGAUUCUAGACAUAGGAUUGAUGUUUUGAUAAUCACACAAAGUAUCGAAACUUAAAGCUUUCAUAUCAUUUAAUAGAUUGAGAAAUCAUCGAUUAAACGAUACGAUCAAAUAUUGGAUUGUUUAAUAGUUUGGGAAAUCAACGAUUAAAAAACACAAUUGAACUUACAAGAUCAUUUGGACACGAAUGAUGUCGUCGACCGAUACGUGAUAAUAUCGAUAAAACGCUAGAAUCCAUAUAUGUGAUUAUUAGGUUAUGUUUGACGCUUAAUCAACGAACUCUAAUUCCAACGCUUUUACACCUUAUUAAUCUUCGUUUUUAUCUUCGUAUUUUAGUUAUCAUAGUUUUAAACAAACAACCAAAUUACUCUUGAACUUAAAAUGAUAAUCGAUGUUGAACGGUUUGCGAUAUCGCACUAAUCCCUGAAAAGACGAUACAUAAAUACUUACUUUUGAUUGGUAGAAAAAUACUACAUCAAAUAAAUCAUUCAGUUACAAAGCAUUCUUUUUAAUUAGAUGAUUUCAAUAAAAUAAAAUAAAAUAGAUCAUACAAUAUGUUCUAGUUGUGCAUAAACAAGUUCUCAUUUCAAUGAUGCUUUAUUCAAACAAAUAACUUUACCAAUAAAAAUUUCCGUUUACUAUCAUGAAAGGUUAAAAUAGUUGUGAAAAUUUAGUUAAAAAGAUUUGUUCUUAUGAGUAGCAAUUUUUUUAUGUUACCUCCUUGCUAUGUAUGUUAAUGGGAUAAACGUAGCACACGGUUAUACUUAAGAGAUAUUUUAUAACGAUUAUUAUUUUAUGAAAUGUUUUUACAGUUUUGUAAAAGUGCUAGAAACUAUUUAAUUAUUUAAAGGGGGUAAUGAACUUUAUACACUAUAAAAAGAUCAUAUAAUUAUACUUUUUACAUGCAAAAUGCAAAAAAUAUGACUGAAAUUCUUAAGUUUGUUUAUGUUAUGUUUCUAUUUAUUUCCAUGUUUAUUGUCACAACAGAAGUUGGUGGUAAGUCAUUUUUUCAUCCUUUUCAAUUUUCCUUCUUUAGUUUGUAUUUUGUACCCAACCUUUUUAUCAUGUUUUAGUAAUAUUGUUAUAUUAUCUUUUUCUUUACGACAGGUGAAUGUAUAAAUGAUAUUGAUUGUCCACAAACUGGGAACUUGUUUUAUGUUUUUAUUUGCAAAAAUCGCAUAUGUGAAUUGAUUAACAAAUACCCUCAAAAUCUAUGAGUACUAGUUCCAAGAGAGUAAAAAAACUUCUUACAAAGGAGAUAUGUAACCAUAUGAUAGAAUAUUCUAUGAGAUAUCAUUUGUUAUUGUACUAGCAUCUACUAAUUUUAUAUUUCUUAUCCUAUUAACAUGAACUUUGUAUUUUUGAUUUUGUACUCUAAGAUAAUGGUAAGACAAAAAGGAGAAUUAUAUAGAUUGUCUUCUCCUCUCUUAAUUUUGGAGGUAUUAUCAUGACAUCCGGUUCAAUCAUAUUACAUCUUAUUUUUUAGUCCACCACCUAUAAGAAUAAUUGUAAUAGUUAUAUUGAAAGAUAACUCUAUCUUACUUCAAAACCUAUACUUUUGUUUUAAUGUUAUAAUGUUAUUACACUUGUCACUUUCAAACACUUAUUUAUAUUUGUUUUACUUUUUUAUGAGAUCUAAUAGUCUUGGAUACCUUUUUUAUUUUAGAAGAUGUGGAAAACUAGAAUGUCACUGCAAAACAAUAAUUAGCUACUAAAAUAACAGUAAAGAAGUUAAUUAAUUGUAUAUUUUGUUGUGUCAACAACAGUUUUUUAAAUUGUUGUAUAACUAUAUGAACUAAGCUUAAUAGUGCAUGUGUUAUAUAUUGACGUAAAUUUAAAAUAUUUUUGUCAUAAUAUUGUUGUUGUUGAUUUUUAUAUUAAUGAAUACCUAUCAAUAAUUACCAAUAAACAUAUUUAAUGUGUGUUCUUUUUUUUACCAAAUUUAUGUGGGUUCUUGACAAGUUGAAAUCUAAGGAGGGUGUAUUGAAUUAGAAUUUAAAAGACAAUUUUUGUAUGAAAAAGUCUUGUGGAUUUUAAAAGACUAUACAUAAUUUUAGUGAUUUUUAAGACUUUAAAAGACUAUUAAAAUUUGUAAUUUGGAUUUCAAAGAAUUUAUACGAUAAGAUUUCAUGGGAUUUGAAAUGACUUUAUAGGUUUAUAAGAUUUCAAUGUGCUUUUAAAGAAUCAUUAAAGAAAAAUGAUAAUAACACUCUUUAUGAUGAUAAUUUCAAUACACACCUUUUCAUUUUUUUUUUUUUUUUAAGGAAACACUUUUUCAUUUGUUAAAAUUCAAAUUAUUCCAUUAAAAAAUAUAUUGUUUUUGGUGUAUUAUUUUGUGUAAAUUAUUGUUCUUGCAUAUCCAUGUUUGUCUUUUAGAAUUUUGAUUCACGUCUGUGAAGUGGGGUUCAAAUGAAGAAAUUAUUGAUACCCCAGAUUUAUGGAUUAAGAUUUAUAUAUAAAAAAAAAUAACAAUGUUUUAUAAAAAAUCUAAGGUCCGAACUCAGUUCUUGUUACUCCUCUCUUGGAUGGAUCCAACUAUCUCGCAUGGAGUCAUUCAAUGAUUCGUGCUUUUGGCGUGAAAAACAAAUUGAAAUUUAUUGAUGGUUCGAUGGAGAUUCCUGAUGAAAAUGAUCUGAAUCGUAGUGCGUGGGAACGAUACAAUCAUCUAAUUCAGUCCUGGAUCAUCAAUUCAGUUUCAUCUCAAAUUGCUCAAACACUGGUUUUUCAUGAAUCCGCCAUUGAUGCUUGGUUAGAUCUCAAAAAGUGUUUUUCUAAAGUUGAUAGAAUACGCAUUGCUACACUUCGAUCCACAAUCAACAACUUGAAACAAGGUUCAAAAUAUGUUUUAGAUUACUUUAUUGAGAUGCAUACUCUAUGGGAGGAGUUGAAUUCUCAUAGACCUAUGCCUCACUGCGCUUGUCCCCACCCUUGCCGUUGCGCCUCCGUGAGAGAAGCUCGCAAUUUUAGACUUGAGAAUCAGGUCAUUCAAUUUCUUACUAGAUUGAAUGAUCAAUUCACAGUUAUUAAAACUCAAGUUUUCAUGAUGGAUCCUCUUCCAUCAAUCAACAAAGUUUAUUCCUUAGUGAUUCAGGAAAAAAGCAAUAAUCACUAUGUAGAUUCUUCCGUUGAUGAUCAUGUUUCUUUGGUGAAUGCUUCUGAUUCACGCAAUAAGCCUCAAGAGAGAGGAACAAGAUAUUCUACUGGACCUAAACCUCCAAGACAUUGUAGUUUUUGUGGAAGAAAUAAUCACACAGUUGAUUAUUGUUAUGCUAAGCAUGGCCACCCUAAUUUUCAGAAGCAAGCUCCCUCUAUCAAUACUUCAAGCAGUAAUGAAACAUAUGAAGCUACACCAGGAAGUUGCAAUGAUGCAUCUUUACCUAGUUCUAGUAUUUCACAAGAGAAGUAUGACCAGCUUGUUAUCUUGCUUCAACAAGUGAAUCUGCUUCCUUCAUCAUCAACACCUCCUGCUAGUGCCAAUCACAUCAAUUCACCUUCUAUGUGAGGUAUAUCAUCCAUUUUCUCUUGUUCCAUUUCAUCUAAAUCUGAUAUUUGGAUUUUAGACUCAUGAGCUAAUGAGCACACUGUUUCCUCCACACAUUGGUUAACUUCUUAUCAUAAAUCAACCCUAAACCUGUGAAUUUACCUAAUGGUACUUCUGUUCUUGUUCAAUAUAUGUCGACACCAUUCAAUUUUCACCUUGGAAAUGUCCUAUAUUCUCCAUUAUUCAACUUGAACUUGAUUUCUAUUUCCAAGCUUUUUCAGUCUUUACAUUGUCAUGUCAUUUUUCAUGAUAAUAAAUAUUUCUUAAAGGAUCUUCACUCCUAGAAGAAGAUUGGUUUGGGUGAUCAGAUUGAAGGUCUUUAUAGAUUAGCUUUAGAUUCCUUUAAUCUUCCUCUAUGCAAUAAUUUUUCUGUCAAUCAUAUUUCCACCAAUACAAAUUUAACCAUCCCUUCUUCUACAUUAUUGCAUUUCAGGUUAGGACAUGUAUCUCAUAUGAGAUUAUCUCAUAUGUCUCAACUAUAUCCUAGUCUUACUUUUGAUCAUAAUACUACUUGUGACAUAUUAACAAAUAACUAAAUAUGGUCUUUCAAUAAAAUAAAAAAUAACCUAAUAGUCAAUAGAUCUCGCAUGGAAAAGAGACAGGGGCCUAUCUAACACCCAUCCCUUAGAAGUCAAAACUAGCAAUGUCCAUGAUAUGCUUUAAUGACGUGAACAAGUUAAACAUAGGAGUAAUUUUGUUGUUUUUCUUUACAUACCUUAAAACUUCUAAAAUGUUGAUAAAUAUAGUUAAACAAGAGUGCUAUUUGGUACGAUAGAUUCAACGACGAAACGCAGCAAAUGGAUACGUGCAAAGAUUGGAACAAGUAUUACUCCACAUUUGGGGCAAAACAUGUUGUUUAGUGCGGUGAUUAAGCUUGUUAACACCUUUCGUUAGUUCUCGUUGAUGCAUUGCUCGUAACAAUGAGCAUUACACAUAGUUAAAUUAUCUAUUAAUGAGAUCAUGUUCUUGAUAGAAAAAGUUAAAUUUUCGUUCUUACAAAAUAUGAACUAACUCGUGAAGACAACAUGUUAUUGAUUUUUGUUUUAAUCGAUUUUUUAUUUUUUAUUUUUAAAUAAAGGAGUCGAUUUUUAUAUUAAAAAUCAAAUUGAGUUGUGUUUUAGGUCAAAUCUUAUCCAACAAGAUUUUUUUUUUGGUAUAAUUAUUUCUUCAUAAAAUUAAAGUAGAUUAUUAUUAUAUUAAAAAAUGUGUAAAAUUAAUAAAUAAAAAAAAUUGUCUAUCCUUUUGUUUAUCUUUCUCCCCAUCACACACAUACAUAUCUUAAGAAACAAACAAAAAAAGUGAAAAUCUCAUACAAUGACACAUUAGUCGUUAAUCAACACUCUUCUCACACUUCUCAUUUUCUUCACAUUGCUUCUAGCGACGGUAACUAACCGUGGCUAAAACAAAAUGGCAACAAUUAGCGACGAAGAACGCGACGGUAACGGAAUUAAUCAAACACCGUUACGAAUCCCUGAAUUGCUCUAUGUUUCUGUGAAGAUGGAGAAUCCAAUCCGCGCUCUCGCUGGAAAUCUUUUUCCUCAUGUUUUUUGUUCUUCUGCAUUGCUUGGGGAUUGUUUGGAUUCUUCGAAAGCUGUAAUUUUGAUUCGUACCCUUUUUACUGUUUUAUUUGUAGUUUAAUGGGCGAUUCUGUUUUUUUUCUUAUUGUUGUUGUUUUUGGUUUAGAUUUUGAUGGAACGUGAAUCUGCGUCAAUGUGGGAGUUGAGCUUUGUUGUUCCACAAAAUCACGGUAAUAAUGUUUUUAAGUUAAUAUUUGGAUAAACAACUUAAUUAAUUGCUUAUAGCAUAAGUUGUUAUUAUAUGAGUAUCAAAGCCCGUUUGCAUUGACUUGAGCUUAUCCACCGGCAUUAGCACUUGUGAGACAAUUUAGGAGAACUUAUGACAUGUUCUUAAGCUGUUUUCAGCUUAUGAAAAAAAAUAUAGAUUAUACCAAAACAAUUUAACUUUAUUUUAUCUUUUGUUAUAAUUUAUUAAAGUAGCUUGUACAUGAUGAUAAACACUUAUACUAUAAUUUGCAAAUUAAGUUGUUUAUCCAAACAGGGACUUUAUGUAUUCUAUAACAAAAUAUAAAAUAAAUUCAAUCUGUUUUCAUAUAAGCUAUUCUAGAGAACUUGUGGAGAUAAGUUGAAGAGAGUUCACGGACAUGUCUUAACCGGUUUCCAUGAACUCUCCCAACGAGUCUGACAAGUGCUUAUGUUAGUAGAUAAGCACAAAUAACCAAAUCCAAUCAGGCCCUAUGAAACGAGAGAAACUCUUCUCAUAAAUUCUUUAAGUAAGCACUAAGUGGUCAUUUGGUUUUAAAUGUGUAAGGUCAUGUCACUAGUAUCCAUAUAGUCCCUGAAUGUGUUGAAAUUACGAAAAUAUCUCUGAAUGUGUCUUCUGUGAGUAAUUUCAUUGACCAAACUGACCAACGAAAGACAUGUUAGAGCCCCAAAUGACAAACAACAUCUACAUUUAUGGAUGUUUUUGCAAUAUUGAUAUAUUCAACGACUGUAGCGAUUGUGUCUAUCCUUCCGAGCAUGUGAAAAUAAGAUGACAUUAUUUUUGUACUCUUUCAACCUUUUUCUUAUGUUGUAAAAUAAAUUCAAAUAAGCUCUUCCAAGCAUUAUUUCGCCGGUGCAUAAACAGAAAAUAAUUGACUUUUCUAAUAACGCAGAUAAUAACUGUAUUGGCAUCAUCAUAAGAAGAAGCUUUAAUGUCAGGACUUCAUUUUGUAACCUGACGUGUUGACUUUGUUUGAGAAUUUCAGAAGCUUUGGAUUUCAAAUUCCUCCUAAAGCCAAAAGACGACAAUUCACCUUGUUUUCUUGAGGAGGGUCCGAAUCGUGUACUUGUAGCGGGAGCAUUGCAAGAUGGUGCUAGGCUUGCUUCAUUUAAGCUUGAUAAUGAUCAUGCUGUUGAGUAUAAAGUAUUUGUUCAAGCAAGCAAAGUUUCUUCCUUUGAUCUGGCAGCUAGUUGGAGGGCUUAUAAGGAGAAUUUUCAUCCUUCGGCUGUACGCGGGAUACCUGACGUCAGCAUAAAUUCAGAAGUUCAGACAGAAAGCGAGGUAAGACUCCAACUGCCAGUUUGCUUCAUCUUGUUUACUUUUUCCCCUUGGUUCAAGGUUCACCACAUUGUUUUUCUUCUGGUAGCUGUAGAACAAAGACUUACUCUGGCUGCAAGUCUUUAGAUGAUUGUGCUAAAAAGCCUCAUGUGAAUGUGCAGGAUGUCUUAUACUUUGUUUUUGCUGUAAAAUAAGUGUACUGUUAAACGUGGUUUAGUUAAGUAUUAGAUAUGCUAAUUUGUCUCAUACUAUGUUAUUUUGUGGUUAUAAUGGUAAAUAGUUGCAUUAUAUAGUUAGUAGACAGCUGCAUCGAAUUGAAAGAUGUUUCGUUUUCAUUCUUUAAAAUAAAAUAACAUGAAUCAGCCUAACAGGUGACUUGCAUUUCAUAUCCUGUUUUUUUUUUUCCUUUACUUUUUCAUGUUUUCUACAGUUUUAAUUAUGUGUUGUAAUCAAUAUUCUUAUAUUAGUGCAGUCAUCACUGUGAUAGUCCAAUUACUUUUUUGUUGAUGCGCAACUCUAAUUAUUUUCCCAUGAAAUUGUAUCGGCGCACUAGUCAUGCCUCAGGACUCUUCUUUAUUAACCGCCAAUUUUAAUUUUAAUCUCUUCGUGGAACUGUAGUUUGUCAUUAAAUGUUUUUCUAAUCUGAUAGUGCAAAAUGGUUAUUAUUAAGGUUCAAGUGAUUAAUCUAGCACAUAAAAAGUUUAUAGUUGAAUUACAUGUCUUUCUCAUACAUUGCCAUUUCAUCCACCACAACUUGUAGUCCAAUCAUGCAUCUUAACUGGUGGCCUUGAUAUGUUCUACUUUUCUUUUUCUUUCUAAUUCCAACUUAUGAAGUUAUGAUAAAUAUGUUUUUUUGUGAACCAUUUCUAUGGACCUCAUGGCUCACACUUUAUUUUUCUAUUUUUUUUUUUAGAAUGUCUCUUCUGCGAGUUUGGAACUUGAUCUUGAGCAUUAUGUUGUCCCAGCUCCCUCAAGUUCUCCAAAUUCAUCUGCUGUAUAUGCAGCUGACAUGACAGAGAAUCCCAGAUCACGGAAUAGUGGGUAUGGCAGCAAUUCAUAUUCCGCCGGAGAUGACAGUGGUUAUGUUGAUCAACCUGAAACUGUAAAUAUUUAACUUUCAAAUUCAUAUUUAAAAUUUAUGAUUGACUUUUAGAUUUUAUAUUGGGCCUAACAGACUCAUCCUUACAUGACCAGUUUGUAUAAUGCGGGUCACCCAUGCUUUAUACACACUACACAUGCCAUAUCUCUGAGCAAUGUGGGACUAAAUCCACCCUUUUAAGCCCAACACAUUGAAGGUGUUGAAGGUUGCAAUUGCAACUAAGGCAACUCAAAUGCCGCAUGUUGGAAAUUCUGCCUUUAUUGCGAUCCACCCCUAGUCGCCCAAUUGCGACAUUUGAGUUUCCUCAUGUUGCCUUGCCUUGUAUUGGCUUUGAGGGGGUGGAUUUAGUCCCACAUCGGUUAGAUAGAACUCUUGAUAAGAGUUUAUAAAGAGGAGGCACUCCCUUACAAGCCUGUUUUGUAAGGAUGAGUUAGGCCCCAAAUUUCUACAUGGUAUUUGUAAGGAUGAGUUAGGCCCCAAAUUUCUACACCGCAAUUAGCCGGCAAGGGGCGGACCGCAAUUAAGGCGGAAUUUCCAACAUUGACGUUAAAUUUUAAAAGAGAAUAUUUUGUCAAACAACUGUAAGAUCGACGAUGUUGUACGGAACAGGGUGUUGGGUGGUAAAACACCAACACGAGAAUAAAAUAAGCAUAGUGGAGACAAGGAUGUUGCGUGGGAUGUGUGGUAAGAUCAAAUGAGAUAUGAUUAGAAAUGACAAUAUUAGAGAGUUAGAGUAACAUGUAUAAUAGAAAAGAUGGUGGAAAAUAGGUUUAAGUGGUUUGGGCAUAUUCGGAGAAGACUUGUAGAUUCUGUAGUAAGGAGAGUAGAUAAUGGAGGAUAGUCAGGUCACGAGAGACAUAGGAAGACCUAGAAAAACUAUAAGAGAAAUUGUUAAGAAAGAUCUAGAGAUGAAUGAGUUGGAUCGAAAUAUGGUUUAUAAUAGAACAUUAUGACGUGAUAUGAUCCAUGUAGCCGACUCCACUUAGUGGGAUAACGUCUGGUUGUUUAACUUUCUCAGAGAUUUUUAAUAAAUACUCAUGCACAGUCAUGUAAACCGUAAAGUACUGACCCUUAUUUUAAUAUUAAAACUAAUCUCCGAAUUCUAAUUAAAAAGGAAAGUAAAUGAUGAAUAUCUAUCUUAGAAUUUGUGGUUGGGCCUUACACAACCCAACAAAACCGGCUUAUAAACACUUGCUCAGGCAAUAUCACUUCCAAUGUGGGACUCUUAACACACACCCCUCACGCCUAGAACUAGACAUCUGGAGCGUGACCCGAGUGGUCCGAUAGCGGAAACUUGAUAGCGGUGGUCCAACAGAUCUUGGAUAGGCUAUGAUACCAACUUAAAUGUUUUUAAAAUGAAUGGCUUGUACAUAUCUUGCAAUGAGAUAUUCAAAUUCUAACUUAUAUACAAGAAAGAAUCUCUCAAGAAAAAGAAAACAAUGAAAUUAAAUCAAUCAUAGUAAAUAGAGAAUAAUCAACAUUCUAAAAUACUGUAAAGUGGAAUAAUGAUAUAGUGAAAUAUUUUUUAGAUUUUUCAACACUCACUGUCAAGCUAAAACUUACCAAGAUUUUAGUUAGUUACAACUUUACAAGUAUGUGUAGCAAAUAGUUGUGUAUUUGAUGUUUUUAAAAUGCAAAAUACCAGUACUUGAGGUUAAGAGGAAAAAAAGAAAGUAAGCUAGUAGGUUAUAUUAAUUAUUGAUUGUGCAAUGUAUCAUAUCUAAUUGGCUAUGUUGAUGUUCCAACUAGGAGAUGGAGGUCAAUACCCUGGUCCCAUCUAGGGUGUAUGAAUGUCGCAAACUUGUUAAAUCUCUGUCAGUGGGAACAAUGUCAACACUGCGAAAGGAAGAUGGUCAGAGGGGACCUUUUGUUGAUAGGGGUGUUGGAUUUCCAAGAAUUGUAAAAUCUUCUAGUUUAAAGUCAUUUACUGUUGAUCUUAGUUUGGACACUGAUACCGAGGUUUGUAUAAUUGAUUUUCACUUUUGUUUUAUUAUUCAACUUUAAUUUUUGGUGGACUGAUUUAUAUUGCUUUUAACCGUUAAUUGUGGUUGUUUACAACAUUUGCUUCUGCCCCUCCUUUUUUCGGAUAGAAUUCAUUUCCAGCAGCAGCUGGAGCUGUUGCAGCUGGUGCCGUUGCUGAUCAGAUGCUGGGUCCCAAGGAGGAUAAACAUUUGGCGAUUGUCAUGGUAUUAUUCUUGCUUGUGAAAUAACUAGUUAUGAAGUUGUUUUAGCAACUUUUCUGAUAAUAUUUAUUUUUGGCUGUAAAUUGAGACUCAAAAAUAAAGGAACAUACCGUGAAAUGUUUGAAUUUGGAAGUACAUGGUGAAAAUGUCACAUUCCCUUUUGUAUUUAAUCUAAUUUAGUGAAUUAAAGUAUUUCGAAUUGAAUAAUUCAAACUACUUUUACUUAGGUGAGUCUGCCAGCUCGAGGUAAAACUUUCACUGCAGCUAAACUUACAAGAUAUCUUCGCUGGUUGGGUCAUAAUACAAAACACUUCAACGUUGGUAAGGUUGUUCACAUUCUUGACUUGAUUCUUCUUUGUAAUGAAGGUUAUGUCUGGAUAUCUAAUGGAGCGUAGUGGAAUGAAAUGAGAUUAAAUGAAGAGUGGAAUAGAACAUAAUGAAAUAGACUUACCAUUCCUUUCUUUGCAUAUUUUAAUCAUGCAAUGGAGAAACGGGCUUGUUUCAUUCUAUUCCACCCAAAAUGGAGGGGAAAAGUGGGAUAUUGGAUGGAAUGGAACCCAUUUCAUUCCAUCUUAUUUUAAAUAAUUCCAAACAACGGAACCUUCAAUGAUUUCAUUCCAUUUACUUCCAUUAAUCCCAAUCUAGCCCAAUAGUCUUGCACCUAGUGGAAGAUUGGAAAUAUAUCAAGUAUGAAGUUAACAUUCUCACAUUUUGAUGUCACAGUAUCGUCGCCUUAAGCACGGAGCUAGUCAGGUAAACUUAAUGGAAAUGAAUCAAUAGGAUAGUUUAUUUCUUAUUUAUUUAUUUAUUUAUUUAUUUAUUAUGUGCUUCUAUAUAUAGAUUCCAUUCCUAUCCGUCAGAUUUGCACCAUUUAUAAAUAUGUGACAUGGGGCUUUGAUUUGUUAACAUGUUUCAUCACCCAACACAAGAGUACUAACCUUCUGCAGCACCUAGAUUUGACAUAUUUUACAACCAAAUGGAAUAUGGUGUAGUUCUGUGACUAAAAUGGGUUCGUAGCACACACUCUUUUAACAAAAUUAAGCUGAAGGUUGGUAGAUUAAAAUUACGGAUUAAAGGAGAAUGAUAAGAAGAAAUAUGACGUUAGUGAAGUAUGAUUUGAUACAAAUUUGACGAUACUAGUUUGAUAGUGACUUGAUACCAAGGACUUAAAACUAAUCCUUAUUUGUAGUAUACGAGACUCCUAAUCCUAAAUAAAUAGGAAACUCAGAAAACAAUCAUGGUAAUAGUGAUAUAACAUGGAAUCUAAUUCUAGGAGAUAAUUUAAGACACUCUAAGAUUAUAAAUGGAACCAAGAAGAUAAAUAUAAUAUCAAAAACAUUAUGAGAUGUUUCAUGUAUGUUCUAAUAAUCUAUUAUACAACGAGUUUUUACAACAAUCAUGAUUCAUAGAAUCAUGGAUGAGCUGCUUGACCUACAAAUUUAAGCAAUCAAGUGUUGCGACCACAAGUUUUAACCUGAAAAAUUUAGAAUGAAUGAUUUGCAUUACACAACGGUGCAGAACAAAAUAUAUAUACUAGAGUAGAGAGUAUCACUUUAAAUAAGGAAAAGUAGAGUUGAGAACAAGGUUUUCUGGUGCUGAAUAACUUAAGAGAUUAGCUCUCAACCUUUUGUAUUUAUAAUAAGAAUAUAUACAAAGUAAAUCCCAUGAUCAUAGGGAGUAAAUCUGUCCUAAUUAUAUAAGAGAUAUUUACAAGGAAAUAAAGAUAAUAUAAAUAAGGAGAUAAUAUAUCAGUCAAUGAUACUAUUAUUACGCAUAUCUCAACACUCCCCUUCAAGCUGGAGCAUACAAAUCAUAUGCAUCAAGCUUGUCACAUAUGCAAGUGAUCCUUGGUCCUCGAAGAGACUUUGUGAAGAUAUCGGCUAGUUGAUCAUUACUAUUAGAACCAACAAAAGAAGUAGCAAUUUCACCAGACAUAAUUUUCUCACGAAUAAAAUGACAAUCGAUCUCAAUAUGCUUAGUUCGCUCAUGAAAGACUGGAUUAGAGGCAAUGUGUAGGGCUGCUUGAUUGUCACAAAUGAUACUCAUAGUGCCUAUUUUACUGAAGUGAAGCUCUUGGAGAAGAUGCUUGAGCCAUAUGAGCUCACAUGUAGUAAGUGCCAUAGCUCUAUAUUCUGCCUCUGCACUUGAUCUAGCAACGACAUUUUGCUUCUUACUUUUCCAUGAAAUCAAAUUGCCUCCAAUGAGAACAUAAUAUCCAGAUGUGGACCUUCUGUCAGACGGACUUCCAGCCCAAUCUGCUUCUGUAUACGCAACAAUAUCUGAAUGACCUCUGUCUGCAUAAACAAGAUCUUUUCCAGGGGCUCUCUUGAUAUAUCUUAGAAUUCUAACCACAACAAUCCAAUGAAUAUCACAAGGGGAAUUCAAGAAUUGACUAACAACACUGACUGCAUAUGAAAUAUCAGGUCUUGUCAUGGUCAAAUAAUUCAGCUUCCCAACUAACCUCCGGUACCUUCCUGGAUCUGAAAAGGUCUCCCCUUGUCAUGGGCGUGAGAGAGGUGUAUUGGGAAAAUCCAAGUCUCACAUCGGAUAGAUAAGACUCUUGAGAAAAGUAUAUAAAGAGGAGCAAUCCUCACCUUACAAGCCGGUUUUUUGAGGAUGAGUUAGGCCCUAAAAUUUUAACAAGUAGUAAAUUAAGGAUUACCACUCAAGAGAGUAUCACACUACAUCAAUUGAUCACUAUGGGGACUCACUGUAUUAAAUAUUUGUUUUAUUCUUGGAAUCAUGAUUUUAAAGUUGGCUGUCGUGCUUUGUUGGAAAGUUUUUAAUUUAUGUCAUUCUUUUAUGUAGUCUGCUGAUUUCUUUCGAGCUGACAAUCCUGAAGGCAUAGAGGCACGUAAUGAGGUAACUUCUGGCCAGUAAAUUAAUUCAAACAAGUAAUAUAUGAGAGUAAAGUUUAUUGAUUUCUGACAUAACUUGGUUAUAACUAAAAUUAUCAAGAUGUUGCUUCUAAAUUUUUUUCAAUUUUAUUAAAAGAAAUAAACUACUUAUCUUUAAAGGCCUUUAACAAAAUUCCUUUUUUUUUUGGUUUGCUUUAGUUGUCAAUUGUUCACUUGCGUUUAAAUCAAUUAAUGACUAAAGAUCUGAAUAUAUUGAAAACAAAUCAUUUCGGGAGCUGAUUCUAAAGUGUUGCAUUAAAGAAAAUCAACACCAAUUGAUGUUAUAAUACAAAAUGAGUUUACUUAUAUCAUUUAUUGAAUGGCAACACCAUUUACGACCCAUUUUUGUAGAAUAAAAAUCAGAAAAUAAACGCAUAUUGACAAAUACCAGAAUUUACGACUACUUGCUCUUAUUCAAAUGCUCUAUUUCUAACAUUGGUUUAUCUUGAAUGAUCUUGUUGGUGUUGACAUCCAGCAAUUGUAGAAGACCCAAUCAAAAUAUUCAUUUUGAUUACCUUUUUAAGACUGAUAUAAUGUUACUUUUAGUUUUUGGUAUUCAUUUUGUUAUGAAUGAUUCUGAUAACGUUAACACCAUGUUGACCUUUCUCUGUGUACAUGAUUUUAAUAUCAUCCAAAUCCUGUACACCCAGGUAGCAAAAUUGGCAUUUGAAGAUAUGAUAACUUGGAUGCAAGAAGGUGGUCAGGUAAAUUCAUUCUUGCUGGGAACCUUUUUUCUUUUUUGUUUUCCUUUAAGUUCUCUGCAUAAAUUUUUAAGUUCAAUUUAGGUUGGGAUAUUUGAUGCCACAAACAGUAGCAAGCAGCGAAGAAACAUGCUGAUGAAAUUGGCUGAAGGAAGAUGCAAGGUAUUUUAAUCACAGAUAGCUACUGUUAUUUAGGUAAUAUAAAAAUGGCGUAUGUAGUUUUAAGGUAUUUUUACACUCUUCUGAUGCACCUUUGUAUUUUUAUUGCAGAUUAUCUUUCUGGAGACAAUAUGCAAUGAUGUAGACAUGAUUGAAAGGAAUAUUCGUUUUAAAAUUCAGCAAAGUCCUGACUAUGCAGAAGUGUAUGUUUGCUUUAAAACCUGUGACAUCUUGUCUCAAUCACUUUGUAGAAACGUGCACAAUUAGCUUUUCUUUUGCAGGCCAGAUUUUGAGGCUGGGCUACGAGACUUCAAAACUCGUGUAGCCAAUUAUGAGAAGGCAAUUCUUUCAUAUAUACUUUUAAUAACUUUUCUCGGUGAGCUUUUGCUUUAAAUAAUGCUGAUUUCAUCAUAUUACUAGGUUUAUGAGACGGUAGAAGAGGGAUCUUACAUAAAAAUGAUUGACAUGGCCAGUGGACGUGGUGGGCAAAUACAAGUAAGUUUUACCUGCAAUUAUGUGAUUUGUGUGUGUUGUAAAUUGCCGUCUACUUGGCUCAUUGUUUUGUUAGCCAGUAACAAUAUCACAAGUUAUAUAUGCAUGUCUGUUGACCAUACUCUAGUUGUUUUUUAGAUGAGUAAAAGUUUAUUUUUGUAGAUACACUUGAAAGUUUGAUUAAUAUGAAUAUUAUUGAUUGAUUGGUAAGUUACAAAUUACAGGCUCUAAUAAUAUUAUAUAGACAAUUAAACAUGAGUCUUAAUAAAUGAUAGCCAAGAAAAAGGAAAUAAAGUUUAUCUUGAUAAUUAUACAUUGUUAUGGACCUUAUGGUGAUAUGUACAACACAAAAGGUUGCCUCCAAAAAUUAUACAAUGACCAAAAGUGGAUCUUCUACCAAUAGGAGAGCCUGCCUUAUCUGCAUUUGAAUAUCAUACAACUUAAGUUGGGCCCUUGUUUUCAUAGAUCAGACCUUUUCAUCGGGCUUCUUUAAUACACUUCAAGAUGUGAGUUACGCCGAGAUGUGAAUUAUAGCAUCCCAAUGUCCUUUACAAGGUAAGUUAAGAAAUCAACUUUCCAUAUUAACAACAAAGGAGAUCUUUGGAAGAGCAAAUUGGGAUAAUUUUGCUUGGUCACUAGUCUUCUGUAUCUCUUUGGGUUUGAUAGUCUUCACCAUGGAGGAAUACAUUCUUCAUAUCAACUUGGAGAGACUUGACACCAUUCUUUUGUAACAUUUCAAGACUUGGAUGACCUAGUUGAGCAUGUACUAGAUGAGGGUAAUCUUUGGUGGUGCAUAUUCGGGAGUGGUUAGGGAGAUGAUAGAGGCCAAGUAUUAGGGUGGUGGACAUCCGGGAAUGGUCAUUGGUUAAAAUAGGUGACAGCUGACAACGGAAAAUUGGCAAUAGCAGUCGCUAUGGGUGAUUCUAAGUGGCAGCGCUAAAAAAUAUGCAUUGUAGGUGUUGGCAGUUGCUAGGUAGGCAGCACAGGGUGGCUACGAUUUUGACGUAGAAGUAAAGUCUCCUAAAUCGAGACUGUUGAUAUCAACUUGAAAGGGUCUCUUAGUAAUCUGAAUAUUAUUGAUUAAUAAAUUACAAAUGACAUGCUCUAAAAUAUAUACUAUUGAACAUAUUUCCUAAUGAUAGUCGGAAAAUCUAUCUUAAUAAUUAAAGAACAUUAUAGUCAUGUAUGUUCAGAAGAAUAAAAGGAAAUAAUUAUUUAUUUUAUCCUAAAAUAGCCCCGCUUAUAACUAUUCUAAUAAUUAGUUUAGAUGUAAAACCCUGGUUUAGCCGUUUAGGUGGAAAUUCAAAUGACAUAGUUUCACUUGCUCUUCUAAUUUUAAAUAACUUAUGACAGCAUAAAUUUGAGUUUGCUUUGUGCCUACCUUAAUAAUUAUUUCAUUUUCAUGGUUCACUGGAAGCAUAGAAUUGAAAGCGUGUUUUAUAAUUUUGUUCUGCACACGCAAAAUUUAUGAUGAAACUUGUACAAAUAUUCUGAAAUUUUUGUGUCUCCAUGAUUUUCUCUAGCCAUAAGAAAUAAGGUCUAUAGUAUGACAUUGAUUUAUUAAUUAUUCACGAUUUAUCUCUUUUGGUUUAGGUGAACAAUAUCAGUGGCUACCUACCUGGCAGAAUUGUCUUUUUCUUGGUAAGCUUCUUCAAAGAUUGUAGUUAAUUACAUUCAAAGUCUUGCAUUAUUAAAACUCAGGCAGGAAAAUAAUUGAUUUAACAUUAUUAAAACUCAAGAAGUGAAAGGGAAAAUUAGAGAGAAUCACUGAUUCUAUUUCAGCUAAAUGAUUUCAUUCAUCUGAUUUUGAUUGAGAUACGUCACUGGUAUGUAUAGAGGUUAGAGUGGGCUUACUGACCCAGAUACAACUAUGAAAACCAAACUGUGAUUGAUUCAACCCACAGCUAUGAACGAAGCUGUCAAAUGACUAACCAAAGCCACCUGCUACCGACACUAGUCAUAAUCGAAUGUUAAUUACAAUAUAACAACAUAGUGGGCUACUAUUGAGAAAUUUCAUGAACCAACCUUAACCUUAAUCAAGAGUCCUUUGGGCUUAAAAUGUUAUAGGUUCAUCUUCCUUAUGCUAAAAUCAAACUAUUAGGUAAUGGUACAUGAAUCAAAGUCUUUACCAUUUGUGUUAGAGGCAUUGAAACCAUUUCAUAAACCAACUACCCAAAAUUUUUGAAACUAUUAGGUAAUGGCACAUGAAUCAUUUUAUAUCACUAAUUAGAAAAUUAGUGAAACUUUUCUGUCACUAUAACCUUUUCAAAUUGAGAUAUUCGCUAAUUUGGAAUAGGUUUUAGCUUAUUGCAGUUUCUCAAAUGAGAUGAAUAUCUAGCUCCUAACUUACCAAAAGGCCCUUAUAAGUUUAUAAGUUCUUAUGGACAAGCAAGAUGGGAAAGCUUCUUAAAAAGUUGAGGGUAGUUUCUUUCGUAACAAAUAGCAAUCCUCUUUUGCCUAACUUCCCAAGAUAGUGUUUUUUAGAAGUCUAUUAUACACACUCUCCAAAUGCUACUCCAUGUUAUUUGAAGUUUCUCAAGAGUAUCUGGUUAUUUUCUUCAUGUCUUGCAGAUGAAUACGCAUCUUACACCACGCCCAAUAUUACUCACUCGGCAUGGAGAAAGUCAGGAUAAUGUGAGAGGCAGAAUUGGAGGAGAUCCUGCAUUAAGGUAUAUUCUCAUAUUUUCUUGGUGUAUAAUUGCCGAGGACACAUGCCGACAAAGGUACUUGUAUGAAUGAAAACGAAAUUCCUGUUUUUUGCCUUAAAGAACUGGUAUCAAAAUAAAUUGUGGUACGGGUAUCGUAAGACUUCAUAUGUUACUGGCUUCUGAUUGUACUAGUUGUAUUUCAUUCGUACUUGACCUAGAAUAAUGGUUUAAGUAGGAGUUUUAGGUCCUUUUUUUAUAACAUUUAAUUAUUUGAAGCAUAUUAAUGGUGAUGAAAAACUGAACGAUAGUAUCACUGGUUGAUUAGGAACAAUAACGGAUACUAAAGGUAGUUGUGAUAAGUCACGAAUGAGAUGAUUAAAAAGAAGUGCUAUGAAGGCACUGUGACUAUAUGAAGUGGAAAAUCUGAAUCGUAUUUCUCUUAUUGUUAGAUAUUACUUUCUUUUCUUCCACCUUGCUCGUGAUUUCUCUUUUUACUACUUUACUUGGGUGUACCCUCGUAGCUGAGAAGCAAAAUAAGGCUAGCAGCUCAUUGUUGUAGCCUUAUUGGUUUAAAGGGCCGUGUUUUGUAAAGAGAAGUGGCAAAGUAGAAGUAGGGCUUAAUUGGUUUGAAGGGAUGUGUUUUUUAAAGUGAAGUGGCAAAGUAGUUAUGGUUUCUCUAUCUUUGACUUAUUUUUUAAUGUGAUACCUGAUUUCUUUAACAGUUGCUGUAAAUUUUAAGCUGACUAACUUAACCAAAUUGUUUCAACAGUGAGGCUGGAGAACUUUAUAAACAGAAGCUUGCCAAAUUUGUUGGAAAACGUCUCAAAUCAGAACGAGCUGCUUCUGUAAGCUUUUCCAAUAGUAUGGAUUAAAUUCUGGCAUUCAUUUUUUCUUCAAAUAAAUCAUAUGAUUACAAGAAAUUAAUGCUAGUAUGCCAUGUGCCUUCUAGCAAUACUCCUUUGUUUGCUAUAGCAACAUAUAUCAUUUAUCUUGAGUUGUAUUCUAGUAUCAAUGACAAUGAUGAAGAUUAUUUUUCACUUAAUCAUGCAGCAAACGGUUAUAGUGUUAGUGAUUGGCAAUGUAUUGUCAGUAACUUAUUCCUUAAUCGGAUUAAGUAUAGGGAAAGGAGGCGCAGACCUUCAAAGAUCUACAGCACUAGUUAGAAAAGAUUCCUUGGACAAGAAAUGAUACAUGAACUAGAAUUACAAAUUUUCAUUAUAAUAUUGCCUUUUCAUCAUUUUGCACAUCUGACACUACCAAAUACAAAGCAUUCUUUUCACAUAUAGGAUUUUGUAGAAGUUAUAUAAAACAAUGAUGAAUGGGUUAUUUCCAUGUCAGUUAAGCGCAUGCAUGAACGUACUGAAAUGAUGAAUAGUUUGUGAUAUUUGUCACCUCUGUCUAGAUAUGGACCAGUACACUACAGCGAACAAUUCUGACAGCAGGCCCCAUUGUUGGAUUUCCUAAGGUUAGUGUCAUCCUUAAGUCAGAAAAUAUGGAUUGACAUAAUUGCACAUUGAUUGUGUUCCUGCAUCGACUUUCUAUACAUUUUAGAUACAAUGGCGUGCACUUGAUGAGAUAGAUGCCGGGGUGUGUGAUGGAAUGACAUACCAAGAAAUCAAGAAGAACAUGCCAGAGGAGUAUGAGUAUGUCUCAAACUUGUAAUCUCACUUAUUUGAAAGCUGAAUGAACUAGUAUUAUUAGAUAAAAAAUCAAGUGUUUAAAAGUAGCAUAAUGCCAAUUAAAAUGUUUAAGUGUAUUUAGUUAUUUUAUUUAUAUUUUGGUUAUUUCCAUUGCAGAUCCCGCAAAAAGGACAAACUUAGGUAUCGUUAUCCUCGUGGGGAGUCUUAUUUGGACGUUAUUCAAAGGUUGAUACAUUGCAUCUUUAACACUAUUUAGAUCCUAGCUACUACUUGUUUGACAUAAAUAACUUAAGUUUUCAUGAUAUUUCAGGUUAGAGCCUGUAAUUAUUGAGCUUGAGCGGCAACGAGCACCUGUUGUUGUGGUAUCUCACCAGGUAUUGCAUAUAUGAUGUUAAAAAGUAAACUUGCAUUUAUGUAUCUUUCACUGGUUUUAAUUCUUGACAUUUUUGCCAAUACUUCUUCAUUGCAGGCAGUUUUGAGGGCAUUGUAUGCUUAUUUUACGGACAGGCCUUUGAAAGAAAUUCCACAUAUGGAGGUAAUAUAUGAGUUAAUAUUUAUCUGAAUGCAAUGUUCUUACUGUCAUAUAUGGAGUUGAUGCAAAAACCUGAUUGUGUUUUUGGCAAAUAUUUUAACUUUGAUAUGAAAAUGUUAGUAUAUUGGUUGUUAUGUUCGUAUUUUCUCCUUCACUGAGAGUUGAACCCUGAUUCUUUUACGCUUUCAACUCAUUUAACCUUUGGCAAUUAUUUAAGCACAUCUUUUGGUUAUUUUCAUUAAAAAAUAUUUAUGUGGUUCACCCACCAAAAUUUCAGAAACAUUUUAAUGGAUCAAGAAUUUGAACAAGAUAUCUAAUGUGAGGUUUGCUCAUUUGCAGGUGCCACUUCAUACUAUAAUAGAGAUAGAGUUGGGAGUUACAGGUGUCCAAGAGAAAAGAUACAAACUAAUGGACUGAUGUGAGUAUAGAAGAAGAGAAGAAAAGGGAUGUUAACAAAAGAUUUGAAGUAAACUUUUUUUUUUUUUUUUGUAAUGAGGAAAAAAUGAUGAAUUAUCAUGUAAAUUGUGAUCCUCUUAAAAGUUAUUUAUUCAUAUUGAUGAGCAUAUCUUAGUUCCUUAUUUGAAGAAUUUUAAAGUUCAAAACAAAAGUAGCACAAGUUUUUACUCAGCAAACUCAAAGUUCCCAUCCUUUUCAGUUCACUCCCUUUUUUGCAAAUCCAUUAAAUGCUGAUAGAAUUAGUUAAAAACAACUUAAAGAAGUAGGUAUGGACCAACAUGAACAAUUUUUGGUCCUCUCCUGAGAGACUACGAGUAGCAGGUUUGCAGGUCUCAGCAUUUGUAGGCCAACUCAGACCAAUGAAAAACAACCACAAAUAAUUUUCCAAUUUUUAUGUCUAUAUUACCAACAUUUCUCAUAGAAAACUUUCAAAUGGCGUUAAUUUAUAGAGGUCAUUAAUGAAUUUUAUGAAAAUUCACCUUAAUGAAUUAUAUAAACACCUAUUGGAAGGGACCAAGACAUUCUGCAUUUUGCCGCAUUCAUGUAGUCACGAUAUCCAUGAUUUGAUAUCGGACGUUUUUUAAGAUCAGUAUAUUUUCUCAAAAGAAUCUGACGAUCUCGAUUUAACGAUCACACAUAUUGUGGCCGCAUGAAGAUGGCCACUGCCAACAGCAUGCAAUCCAAUUUUCUAUUGGAUGAUGUUUUCCAAGAAGCUUUGAAGAAGUAGAUACCAUCAGCAUGCUGCAUGCCUACUCUAUAAAAAGUAAAAACUAGAAAAAGGAAAGAAAGAAAUAAAAAGUAGUGAUAGAUGCAUCACCGGAAACAUGUAUGAAAAUAUGGCAUUGGCAUGGAAUCUAUGCAAAGAUCUCUUACUGCAGUCAGCCGUGGACUGAGGGUGACUAUAGUACUACUACUACUAGGGUGGUCAAAAUAAAUGGAAAGACGAAAAAGUCCUUCAUUUAUAGUAUAGGUUUCCAUUCACAUGGGACCCCUGAAUUCUCACAUUCAUCCAUCUUGAUAUCUUUAAAACAUGAAUUAGGAGGGUCCCAUUUUCUGCCUCACUAGCUAAACAAAUACAACAGCCACUCUAACAUUGACAACUGAAAUAUUGUUGGCGUAGAACUGAAAUAUUGUUGGUAUAUGCAUAAGUUUGUUUAUUGAUCAACCAAUAGAAAUAAAUUUGUUCAUAAUAUAAUAGCUAUUUCAUUUAUGCACCAUAAAAAUAACUAUACAAGACUUAAUUAUAGAACCCUUCUUUACCAUCAUUCAAUCUUUAUACGCAGACGAUUUGUUAAUGAUUAUAUGAAAUUCACACACACAACUAUGAAAUCUCAUAUUCGUAUUUAAGUGAAAAUUUCAGUUUAGUAAUAUGAUAUGCAUAUGUAUUGCAAAUUUUUAAUUGUUUUUCUAAAUAUAUUCAACAAACUAAUGUUAGGAGUGGAGAAACUAGUAUUUGACUUACUCACUCUAACACUCUCUUAAACCUUCUCAAAAUUGUACAAUAUCUCAUUUAUUAGUCAUAAGUCAUAAGACCUUUUGCUACACCAAAAUAAACUAAUUAAAACUAAAUAUAAAUAAAUUCACACUCAAACCCUCCACAUGAAUCUAAUAAAACUCACCUACCUACCACCUUCCACUGCCAUUGCCUUCACGGGUGUUCAUUUCUCCCCCCUCCUUUUUCUCUUCAACCUCCCCUCAUCCCAUCCUCACAUUCAUCACUCCCUUGGAUACAAGGACUCUUCUCCUUUCACAAAACCAUACUACACUUCAUAAUUUCUCAAUUCCCUUCAAACAUAUCCACAUACACAACAACAAACCAUAACAAAACAAGAAUCUUCUACAUUGUACACACAAAUAUGGUAUUAUUAAGGUUCUCUUUGAACAUAUAAAAAAAUCUUCUUCACAAACCACUUCAAGUUCAAUCUUUUCCUAAAAAACCAUUCCAAAUCUAUUUCACCUAUUAGACCAAAUUUCACUUCUCAACUCACGCUGAAAGUACCGAGUGUAACUUAAGUCAGAGAUGCUAAACCAACCCAACUCAGAAAACUCAUCCACCAAUCCAUUGAAUCAACUAGCACAAAACAUGUCCUCCGACAACUACAUCAUGCUUGCAGCAAUCAUUUCUCUCCUCCUAGUAAUCAUCUUUGUCCUCCUUCUUCACCUCUACGCCAAAUGGUUCCUAGCUCAAUCCAAUCCUCGCAGUCCGGUGAACCUCUCCGACAUUCCAAUAUCUCCCAACUUCCACCACCAUUUCAACAUCCAAUCCCCACCAUUUAAAGGACUCAACUCAACAACACUUUCAACCAUUCCCACGUUUGUGUCUGAAGAAAAAACACAAGAACUAGAAUGUGUGAUUUGUUUGAGUUACAUUGAAGAAGGAGAGAUUGGAAGAAAGUUACCAAAAUGUGGACAUGCUUUUCAUGUUGAAUGUAUUGAUAUGUGGCUGAAUUCACAUUGUAACUGUCCCAUUUGUAGAGGUUUGAUUGUUGAGGAAGAUUCUCAUGGUGGUAAUGUUGUUGAGAUUGUGAUUGAUACUCCAAGUUAUAGUGAGAGUGGUUCUGUUUCUGUUUCAGAAACUAGUUCUUUAUCUUUGUUUGGAUUUUCUUUCAAGAGAAUUCUUAGCAAAGUUUUUCUUUCUUCACAUGUAAAUGAAUUAGAUAAUGGUUCACAAUGAUAUUAUUUAUUUUUUGUUCUAUUGUUUAUAACUAUAUAUUAUAUAUACAACCAUGAGAAGUUAAUCGCUAUGAUUAGACAAUUUUUGUUUGUUUCAGCUUGUUUAUGUAUAUCCUAUUAUUGUUAAAUUGUUUGGUUUCUUUUGGAUAUGUAAUUUUCAUUUUUAAUUUCUUAAUUGGUUUAAGACUUGAGAGAAUUAAAUUAAAUCAUACACACUCAAGAACUAAUAUAUCAACCUAAUCACUUCUACAACAAAGCGAUUGUGAACGAGACUACAUCAACCAUAUUUAACCGCGAUUUUUUUCUUUUCAAUAUUAGAGAUUGUGUGCGUGUUUGAAUUAAUUGUAAUUUUGACGAAAUCACGAUGAUGCUGUAAUUUUUUAGAAGAUUCAAAGUAAAACUUUUAUCAAAAUCGUAGUAAUAAAAUGGGAUUUUACUAAACUCACACUAUAAGUCUCUUUACUAAUUUUAAUGACAUUUCACAUGCAAGCAAUGUCAUGCAAAUAUCUUCUACAUCUAAUUAAUAAUAUAGAAUAUAAACAAAUUAUGUGAAUAAAUAAACAAGACAACAAAAACACUUGACUAAUAUUGUUAUGUUUCUAUGUGAAGGAAAGAAGUGUGGCAAGACCAAGAGAGUGUCUUCCUCAAAGUCAAACGGAAAGAAAAGACAAGAGGAAGUACUUAUUUGGCAACAAGUGUCUGCCAUCAUCUGUCAUGACUUAUGACACUUUUUUGCAGCAAUUCAUUGUUCUGAAAGUCUAGGCUUUCUUUUGUUUCUAUUGUGAUUAAAUAGUCAAGCAAGGAAGGACAAAAUGAUGGGCCAUGAGGAAAGAUAGAAAUGCUAGAAAACACAGUCUUAUUAUUGAAUGAAAUUGGUGUGAGUCUCAUUGGUUUAUCUAAGAUUUAUUUCUAAAGUACGAGACUCAGGUGAAUUUUAUACAAUAAAAGAGUGGUUGUCAGACAAAGUGUUAGAAAAAGAGUGUUUUAAGAUGGAUCAAAAUAUAGGAUAUAUAAUAUAUUAAUGGAUCGACUCAUUUCACAUUUCACACUAUAGUUUCGGGCGUUAACUAUUAGUUAAGUAUAUGAAAUUGUAAACCAUUAUUAAUUUAAUAGAUGGAUUACACUUAAAUUUACAAAAUUUCAAUCACAUAAUUAGAUGAAAAAAAAUUGUCCCCGAAAAUUUAGUUAUGUUGGUAAGGACAAUAAAUAUAUGCAAGAUCUGGGAUUCAAACCUCGCACACCAUUAAAAGAUGAGAGAAAAAAUUGGUUAAGAAAAUUAAAAGAGAGAGACAAAGGCAAUAAAGAUAGAUAAUUCUUUUCGAAUGAAACACGUAUUUUAACACAUAAAAGACAACACCACAAUAUGUCGAAGAAGUGUCAUGUCCGAUAUACAUGUUCCAUGCCCUGACACGAUGCGGAUUGAGAUCAUCUCCAAUAUGCAUCCCUCUUCGACAAAGAAAAUGAGUGUGGAAGGUGAGAGAAAAAGGGGAAAACGAUAAAAAGAUUAAGAAAUAAAAAUAUUAGAGAGAUAGAUAGAGAAAAAGGCUUAAUAACAGUUUUCGCCCCUUAAGAAAAAAAAUUACAAAACUGCCCCCUAAGUUUUGCAACUGUAGCAGUUUUGGCCCCCCAAGGAAAAAAAAAGGGUUAAAUAUGUUUUUGGUCCCUAUAAAUAUACCAACUUUUUCGUUUUAAUCCCCCUAAAAUUUUCCUUCAACUUUUAGUCCCUAAAAAAAUUUUCAUCUUCACUUUUGGUCACUCUUUUAAAGUAAACUCAUAUGUAGAAUUCAUAUUUUUGAAUAAAAAUUUGCAGAAAAAUUCUUAAUAUUAUAAGAAUCUUACCCCAAAAAGUUUAGAAUUUUUUAACAAAACAUAAAUUUAAUAUGAAUUUUUAUAUUUUUUAUGGUUAAAAAAUUCUAAUUUCUUUUUGUAAUUUUUUUUACAAUAUUCUACACAUUUGUGUACAAUUUCAUUGAAAUAUACUAAAAUUAACUUUAAAUUAGGGAUCAAAAGCAGUGACUGAAAAUUUUAUAGAGACUAAAAGUUGAAGGAAAAUUUUAGAGGGACUAAAACAAAAAGUUGGUAUAUUUAUAGGGAGCAAAAACAUAUUUAACCAAAAAAAAAAAAAAAUAACACUGGGCACCUCACUUAGGGUGCCACGUCAGCGUAGACAGAGUCAAAAUUGGCCUACAGGUGCAAAACUGCCACAGGUGCAAAACUUAGGGGGCGGUUUUGUAGUAAUUUUUUCUUAGGGGCUAAAAUCGCAACUUUGAGAAAAUUAGGUGGCUGAAACUGCUAUUAAGGCAAAGAAAAAUAUAGGAGAGAAAUAGGGAAAAUAAGGAAAAAUAUAGGAGAGAAAUGGAAUAGAUGAAGUACAUGAUUUUUAAUUUUAAAGAAUAAAUUCACAACUCUAUAAUUUUAUGAAUUAAAUUUGUGAUUCAAUUUAUUUUUAAAACAAAAGUUUAUGUCCUCUGGGAGUGGGACCUGGUCAAUGUUUUAUGAAGAAGCUCUUCUGCAUGAGCCCAGCUAUGUAAAUACGGUCAAUGAAACUGCUACAAGUGAGGCCAUUUAUAGUGACCUUUGCUUUGUAAUAUUUAUUAUUUAGUACACAACUUGGCCCUAUAUAGUCUAACUUAGCUAAAUAUCAUGCAUGCAGCUUUUGUUUUUUGACUCAUCUAAUGAUGCAGCUGAAACUAUAAAACAUUGAUGAUCUAGAACCAGAAUGCUACACUACAUAGCUUCACACAUGGAAAUAUUCUUGGCCGAAAAUACAGUUUUGUGCAUGGAACUAAUAUCCAAAAUAGUUGGAUAUUAAUAAGUGAGCACUAAAACAAAUAUUCUUGUUUGUGUUGUUGGAUAUCAUCUCACUUUUAUUUUUUUGUUGGAUAUUUGUAUUGACUGCAUUGUGUUGUUGGAAUCAAUGUUCCAACGUAUCUCUGUAAGAUGUUGGAUACGAUGUUCCAACAUCCUGGCACGGUUCAGUGUGCCUGAGUUCAUGCUUAUUUGUACGGGCGCCCUUUAUUGUUUAAGGAAACAAUAUUUCCUUAUCUUAUUGAUCAAGCAACGCGCAUAUCUUUACAGAAUCAGUUGUGGAAUAUUCCUAAAGUUGUGUUUAUAUUUUAGGAAAUAUUUGAAGUUGUUUUGUGACGAUCCUAAAGAUGUUCCGACAUUAUAGGACUUUCCAUAUUUGUUUCUAAUUCUUGUUUUGCAGAUCAGUUGGACGAUCUGUUUUGUUCUGAAGCCCAACAAGUUUAUUUGACUUGAGUUGCUUCAGUAUAUAAGGGAGACUUCAAGACCUAAUGAACUAUUCAAGCCGUAAUUCUAAAAAGUUUAGAUUUUUAGGGUUUUGAGUAUACAUGUGUUCUACUCUUGUAUCAUGUUGAUGCAAGUUUAGUACCUUUAUUGUGAGCCUUUCUUGUGUCGUUUGUGAUACAUGUUAAGGACUGUGUGUUAAGUUGUAUUCACUUGUGUACUACACCAAAGCUUGUAAGCAAGGUGUUAGUUGUAUGUUUGAAGGUAACUUCACCGUUAGUUUGUGUUUUAGGUCUGAUAGGUCACAUGGGUUGUGAUUGACCAUAGGAUAGUGAGAUGAGAUCUCAGAUCUAGGAGUUCCUAGAUUGAAAUCAAUAUGGGUAGGUCCUAGGUCUUUAGUGUAAACGAGGAGUUUGCUGAGAGCUAUAGAAUAAGGACUGCACUAGUGGAUUUCCUUCCUGGAUUGGUAGCCCCCAGAGUAGGUGUGUUUGUCACCGAACUGGGUCAACAAACUCACUGUGUUCUUUACUUUCUUGUCUUUUAUUUCUUGUUUUUUAUCUCUGUUUAUUUCGUAAUGUUGGAACAUUGAACGGAACAUUAACGUUGAAACAUCUUACAGAACAUAUUAAAACAAGUGCGUUAGAAUUUCAUUUUUGCAUACCCUUAGUGACAGUUAACUGUUACUCCCUCCCUAACAGUCUUUGCCGAGCAAUAAUUAACUCUUAUUGGGGGUAAUAAUUAAAGUGAGAUGAGUAAAAUUCUACUAUUUUUUGCCGUCGAUUCUUGGAGAUAUGAGCUCUUAUAAUCAAAGUAUAGCAAGGUAAAUAAAGCAAAAAAAAAAAAAAAAAACAACAAAAGCAUCAAUCGAUAACAAAGUAUAGGUUUUGUAAAAUCAUCUGCUAAAAAAAAAAAGGUUUUGUGAAAUCAUAAUGGGUAAGUGUGAUUCCAAUAAAAUUUAUUGUGAUACAAAACAUUAGAAUAAAAUUGAUUUCUGCCAUUCCUCUAAGAUUUUGAUGAUAAAGUAUUGAAAAACAAUUGGAUAUACUAAUAAAAUCUAUUCAACGGAGUAUAAUAAAUGUGCAUGACCAUUGAUGAAGGAUUUUUACCUCUCAUAAAACUAUUUACACGUAAGUAUAAUAGGAUCGUGUCCACAGGGAGUUGCGUAUUUCAUAAGCAUUUUCACAAUAUUUGUCACAUUAAGUGUUAGGGUAUAAAUUGUUUGUUUGUGUAAAACUAUUUUCCUAAUCGACAUAAAAGUAAAACGAGAAGAGAUAGGGCUAUUCCGCUUGCGGUCAGAGACAUCAACCAAGCGUAACAGCUGCAAUCUCUCGAUCGAUUAACGGAUUCUAGCUUUUUAAACUAUAUUAUCACAAUCACUCGACAAUAUCAUUCGUGUCCAAAUGAUAUCGUUAUUUCUAAGAGAUCGUUUAAAUAUCGAUUUCCCAAACAUUUAAACGAUCACAAAGUCGUUUGGGUAGUUUAAUCGACGAUUUCCCAACCGAUUAAAUUACCCAAAAACAUUAAGUUCUAGAUUAAAAGUGAUUAUCAAAUAUUAACAUCCAUGUCUAGAGUGAUAACUUAAGAUAGAUUAUUAUUCUAUUUCUAGAUUCAAAAGUAUGUGUCCAUAUCAUUUUGAAUCUCAAUAAAACAAUAAAAACAAGAAUAACAACAAUAUUGAAUAAAUAAGCUAGAACCAUAUAUUAAAAGAUCAAAAGAUUACAUAAUAGCUUGUUUGAAUACCUCAAAACUACAAGAGUAGAUGUAGCUACAUAUGUCUAUGAUAGCUUUGCAAAGGAUGAAGAAAGGGUGAAGAUUCCAUGACAAGAUCCAUGAUGUCUCAACAAAUAUUGGCUUGAAUCUACUCCUAACUACCUUGCUUUGUGUUUCUCUCUCUAGAAAAGCCCUAGUCUCUCUCUAAAACCAGAAAAAUAUGAAUAAAAAUGUAAUAGAAUAUUUUGGAAAGAGAAGAGAAAACUAUUUAUAUGGGCUGACUGCGUGCCAGUUCGCUUAAGCGAAUCAUAGUUCGCUUAAGCGAACAUCCAGGAAAUCUAAUGUUGACCAUUGAGGAGCUGCCACGUGGUCCUUAUCUUCUGAAGUUGGAUGAACUUCGCUUAAGCGACACGCAAGCGAACGUGUGAGCGAACUUUCUUGGAGCUCUCUGUAACUAGUUCGCUUAAGCGAACCGUAGGUCGCUUAAGCGAAAUGACCUUUUCUUCAUGAGCGAACUGGAAGCGUGCUAGUAAGCGAAGAAUCCUGGUGCUCUCUGGAACUUGUUCGCUUAAGCGAACCAUAGGUCGCUUAAGCGAACUGAGCUUUAUCAUGAGCGAACUGAAGGCGUGCUUGUAAGCGAAUAGAACGGUUGCUCUCUGUAACUGGUUCGCUUAAGCGAACAGGGGUUCGCUUAAGCGAACAGACCUUGGUUCAGGAGCUUCCUUCUUUUGGUCCUUGCUUGUCAUUUCCUGCAUAAAUUGGGUAGAAUCAGGCAUGUAAAGCAUAAAUGGUAAUAUUACACUCAAAUGGUAGCUUUUCCUUAGAUAACUUGCAAAACAAGUCACUAAUUUGCCUAAGUUAACACAUGAAAUAUGUUACUUUUGAGCACUUAUCAACCAUAUAAUAAAAUCUAUUGAUGAAUUGAACAUGUAUUAUAGCAUGAGAAGCACUAGAGAAGCUUAAAAGACUAUAGUAGAAGAUAUGAAGAAAGGUCAACCAGAAGUCAACAUCUAGGAUCAGAAGAAAGGAUGCUCAUCAGACUCUGAAGGAUGCUACUCAGACUCUGAAGGAUCAUCUGACUCAGAAGGCAACGUGAGACUUGGAAGACCCCCAGCUCAGAAGAUCUUGAGGGACCCAGACUCCACGUCAGUUUUGUCAUCAUAUGUAGUUAUCUCUAUCAAGGAUCUGAGUACAGUUUUGUUUUCUUCUGACAACAUGUAGAAAUGGACAAAGAACUUCAUGGACAAAGAGAAUGAACGGAUAAUUUGAGUUUAAGCUAAGCAAAGGAAUUUCAAAUGAAUAUUCAACGGAAUUAUCCAUAUCAGGAAAUGGUCCAACGUCCUUGAUUUGAAACUUCUCAACAACUCUUAAUGCGAUGACACUCUUCUCCAUCGUCUCUCAAAUCCCUGCCUAUAAAAUGAGCUGAAGACCUGAAGAAGAUCAACAAGACUCUGCUAUUUUUACCGUGUCAUUACUAUGUCAAAAUCAAAUAGAGAAAAAACACUUAGAAUUUCUUAUAUAAGUUUAUAUCUUAGAAAUUCUAAAGUCUUAAGAAUAUGUUCAAUAUUUUUCUGUUUAUACCUCUGAUUCUAUAUCAAGUGUAAGAACAAAUUUGUUUACUUGUAAACAAAUAGAAAUCUCUUGCUUGUGAAGUUUGAGCACUAGAAGUCUCUCUCUCUCUCUCUCUCUCUCUCUCUCUCUCUCUCUCCCUCUCCCUCUCCCUCUCUCGCUCUCCCUCUCCCUCUCUCUAUAUAUAUAUCAGAUUCUGACCAAUGUUUAAAACUUAAAAAAAGAAUCAAACACAAUUUAACCCCAUUCUUAUGUUUUUCUCACCUUCAAAACAUGCACUAACUCAAUAUACAAAGUUAUAUAUAUGGAGAUCAAUUUACUGAAAUAGUAAACCUUUUAAAGUUGCUCUAAAUAAAAAAUAUAUAUAUUUUUAUAGUUACAUCCCGGUUACAUACAUAAGAAGAAAAAAAAGCUCUUACAAUGAUUAUGAAAUACAGUAAAGUGUAGUCAAUUUUCUAGAUUUUGUAUAAAGCAUAUAAGUUAAAGUGACUACAAAUAAUACCUAAGAAUAUAAUUAAUGAUUUGAAAAAUCCUCUCAACGUCUUUGAGUCAUGUCUGAGCUCCGUCAAGAUCAUAUCUGCCCUUAAAGUUAGGCGGAUGGUUCCUCAGAAAAGUCUCUAACAUACGAACUCCAUCAUUACCUCCAACAUUAGGCUGUUGCCCUACAGCUUGAGCCACAACUUCCAACACAGCAGCAAUAGCAGCAUCCUUCCUUCCAGCCAUCUCGGUUCACUAUACAACAAACAUUAAUUAGGAAACACAACGACAGUAUUCAACUGUCACACGACACCAACGACUCAACUACUUGGUCGAACGGACCGACUUGCUCUGAUACCAAUUGUAACACCCUGUUUUUCCAAUAUAUAAAUAAUAUAAAAAAGAUCAGAGUUCAUCACAAACAGGAUGUCACAUUUCGUUCUUCAAAAUAAUAUUUAACACAAAUAGAGUUAAAAUCCACUCUUUAUUUAAAUCAUCUGCUAACAACAAUUUUCAACAACGUCGCAAAAUAUUUAUUCUUUCAACAAAAUGGCACUAAGGCCUCAACAUAAACAACGUCAAUAAACAACAAAGUCCCCAUCCUGUUAUGUAUCAUAGCGACUCCUAAGACGACACGGGGAAUAACUCACAUCAGCGGUUACUUCUGGUUAUCUGCACGUUACCCACGUAGAGGCAACAUUCAAACAGAGGGGUGAGAUUUCACAUUCAAUAAUAAUAAGCAUAUAAUUCUAUAAAAGAAUUUAACAACACAAAAUAGCAUCAAUUCAUCAUUAACGAUAUUAAUAAACAAUAAUUCAUGUGAGAGAAUUUAACAACAUAAAACAACAUCAAUUCAUCAUUAACAAUAAUUCAUGUGAGAGAGUUUAACAACUCGAAACAACGGCAAUUCAUCUUCAACAAUGCUUCACAUAAUUCCAAUCAACAAUUCAUCAAUUAUCUUCACUUCAACAAUGCAAUAAUAACAACAACAACAAUACAACAACAACAACAAUUCGACAAUGCAACAACAACAACUCAACAAAUGCUAAUAUGCAUGUGGUACCAUCAGAGCAUCAAGCUCCUUACAACAGAGCAUCAAGCUCCCUUUUAUUAUAUAACAGAGCAUCAAACUCCCAUCGAUUAAAUAACAGAGCUUCAAGCUCCAUUUGCUUAAAAUUAACAGAGCAUCAAGCCCUCUUCGCUUAAAAUGAUUAUGUAUUAGAAAGAACUCGAUUAGUACUUUUAAUGGCAUUUUAAGCAAAAAUUAGCAAGCGAUGUUUAGAUAAACUGAUCAGAUAAAGAAACCACAUAAGAUUGAACUCAACCUUCCUUCAAAACAAAAAAGAAAAAUAUUGAACCCAACCUCUCUCUCUCUCACUCUUCUUCGGAACACCGUGACCUUCAGAAAGUUUCGGUUUUCAUCUUUGUUAACCAGACGCAACCUCACAUCACGUUUAUCGACCGUUCUCUCUUCAACUUUCCAGAUUCGACAUAUCUCCAACAACACUACUUCAUGGAUCGACGAACCGCAUCGUAAGACCUGGAUCGCGGGACUCAUGGACACUCAAUCAACGAGUCCUGAGUUAUGAGAUCUCUUAUAUGCCUGUGACAUGGAAAGGUAUAGAAAAACCAAAAGCCGUAAUAGUCAUAACAUGUCAAGAAUCAAAUACAAAAUAAGGUCCGAGUACCAAAUUGAUCCAUGUCAAAUAGUGUACACGUACCUGAGAUUGAAAGACGUGAAGCUAAUGUAAUGAGAGAGAGUUUAUUAUCUUAUGUUUGUUUUGGAUCUGAUAUGAUUUGUUUAUUUCGGAUCUGAUUUGCUUUGUUUCUUUCUUCUGGAAAAGAAUAUGAUAUGCUUUGUUUAUUAUUAUGGGGUAAUAUUAAAUUCAACAACAGUAAAUCAUUGAUGGUAAGUUUGAUAAGUUAUUUUUAAUUAAUACAUGAUGAGGACAUUUAUUCAAUCAUUGAUUUUAUCAAAAAUAAAAUAAAAUAAAAUAAUAUCUACCAUUGAUUUGUUAAUUUAACCUAUUCAAAGUGAUUUCUGUACUUUAGAGUGUGAAAUGAAUAAGAGAAUUGUUGUUCACACAUUUGAUAAGGCUGAGAAACACGAGUAAAAUUCGUUUUUGCCCCCUUGGCAGUUAACUACCGAGCAAUUCAUCAUCAACAAUGCUUAACAUAAUUCCAAUCAACAAUUCAUCAAUUAUCUUCACUUCAACAAUGCAAUAAUAACAACAACAAAGCAUAUCAUAUAACCUCAUAUCAUCAACAUAUACAUUCAUAUAAUAAUUCAUCAAUCAUGAGCAACAUCAUAUAACCUCAUAUCAUCAACAUAUACACUCAUAUAAUAAUUCAUUAAUCAUGAACAAUAUCAUAUAUAUUCAUAUAAUAAUUCAUCAAUCAUGAACAACAUCAUAUACAUUCGUAUUUAUCAACAUAUACACUCAUAUAAUAAUUCAUUAAUCAUGAACAACAUCAUAUACAUUCAUAUAAUAAUUCAUCAAUUACGAACAACAUCAUAUAUAUUCAUAUAAUAAUUCAUCAAUUAUGAAAAACAUCAUAUACAUUCAUAUUCAUCAACAUAUACACUUAUAUAAUAAUUCUUUAAUCAUUAACAUCAUAUAACCUCUUAUUCAUCAACAUAUACACUCAUAUAAUAAUUCAUUAAUCAUGAACAACAUCAUAUACAUUCAUUCAAUCAUGAACAACAUCAUAUAUAUUUAUUAAAUAAUUCAUCAAUCAUGAACAACCUCAUAUAUACUCAUAUAAUAAUUCAUCGAUCAUUAACAACAUCAUAUUCAUCAACAUAUACAUUCAUAUAGAUAUUAAAUCAUCCAACAAAGAUAUUCACGUCACACCAAGUUAGAUCCAUCACAACAUAGGUUAAAUACUCUUAAACACCUUAAUUCAACUCAUAGUACACAAGUUUUGAAUUUUGGAGACAAUCCAUAAAUUUUGGGUUGACUUACAAAUAGUUAUGCGGAAUUUUUAUAAAAUUUCACUAAGAUUGAACUCAACCUUCCUUCAAAACAAAAAAGAAAAAGAUUGAACCCAACCUCUCUCUCUCUGUCACUCUUCUUCGGAACACCGUGACCUUCAGAAUGUUUCGGUUUUCAUCUUUGUUAACCAAACGCAACCUCACAUCACGUUUAUCGACCGUUCUCUCUUCAACUUUUCAGAUCCGACACAUCUCCAACAACGCUACUCCAUGCAUCGACGAGCCGCGGUGUAAGAUCUGGAUCGCGGGACUCAUGGGCACUGAAUCAACGAGUCCUGAGUUACGAGAUCUCUUCUAUGCCUGUGACAUGGAAGGGUAUAGAAAAACCAAAAGUCGUAAUAGCCAUAACAUGUCAAGAAUCAGAUACAAAAUAAGGUCCGAGUACCAAAUUGAUCCAUGUCAAAUAGUGUACACGUACCUGAGAUUGAAAGGCAUGAAGGUAAUGUAAUGAGAGAGUUUAUUAUAUUAUGUUUGUUUUGGAUCUGAUAUGAUUUGUUUAUUUCGGAUCUGAUUUGCUUUGUUUCUUUCUUUUGAAAAAGAAUAUGAUAUGCUUUGUUUAUUUUGGAUCUGAUUUGCUUUGUUUUUUUCUUUUUGGAAAAGAAUAUGAUAUGCUUUGUUUAUUAUUGUGGGUUAAUAUUAAAUUCAAUAACAGUAAAUCAUUAAUGGUGCGUUUGAUAAGUUAUUUUUAAUUAAUUCAUGGUGGGAACAUUUAUUCAAUCAUUGAUUUUAUCAAAAAUAAAAUAAUAUCUACCAUUGAUUUGUUAAUUUAACCUAUUCAAAGUGUGAAAUGAAUAAGAGAAUUGUUGUUCACACAUUUGAUAAGGCCGAGAAACACGAGUAAAAUACGUUUUUGCCCCCUUGGCAGUCAGUUAACUGCCGAGCAAUUCAUCAUCAACAAUGUUUCACGUAAUUCCAAUCAACAAUUCAUCAAUUAUCUUCACUUCAACAAUGCAAUAAUAACAACAACAACAACAAUGCAACAACAACAACAACAAUUCGACAAUGCAACAACAACAACUCAACAAAUGCUAAUAUGCAUGUGGUACCAUCAGAGCAUCAAGCGCCCUUCGAUUAAAUAACAGAGCAUCAAACUCCAUUUGCUUAAAAUUAACAGAGCAUCAAGCCCUCUUCGCUUAAAAUGAUUAUGUAUUGACACAACCAAUGCAACAACAACAACAACAACAACCACGACAACUUUGCAUUAUGACUUCAUAAUUCAUCAAUCAUAAACAACAUCAUAUACAUUCAUAUUCAUCAACAGAUACAUUCAUAUAAUAAUUCAUUAAUCAUGAACAACAUCAUAUAACAUCAUAUCAUCAAGAUAUACACUCAUAUAAUAAUUCAUUAAUCAUGAACAACAUUAUAUAUAUUCAUAUAAUAAUUCAUCAGUCAUGAACAACAUCAUAUAACGUCAUAUUCAUCAACAUAUACACUCAAAUAAUAAUUCAUUAAUCAUGAACAACAUCAUAUACAUUCAUAUAAUAAUUCAUCAAUUACGAACAACAUCAUAUAUAUUCAUAUAAUAAUUCAUCAAUCAUGAAAAACAUCAUAUACAUUCAUAUUCAUCAACAUAUACACUCAUAUAAUAAUUCAUCAAUCAUUAACAACAUCAUAUAACCUCAUAUUCAUCAACAUAUACACUCAUAUAAUAAUUCAUUAAUCAUGAACAACAUGAUAUAUAUUUAUUAAAUAAUUCAUCAAUCAUGAGCAACCUCAUAUAUAUUCAUAUAAUAAUCCAUCAAUCAUUAACAACAUCAUAUUCAUCAACAUAUACAUUCAUAUAGAUAUUAAAUCAUCCAACAAAGAUAUUCACGUCACACCAAGUUAGAUUCAUCACAACAUAGGUUAAAUACUCUUAAACACCUUAAUUCAACUCAUAGUACACAAGCUUUGAAUUUUAAAGACAAUCCAUAAGUUUUGGGUUGACUUAGAAAUAGUUAUGCGGAAUUUUCAUAAAAUUUCACUAAGAUUGAACUCAACCUUCCUUCAAAACAAAAAAGAAAAAGAUUGAACCCAACCUCUCUCUCUCACUCUUCUUUGGAACACCGUGACCUUCAAAAUGUUUCGGUUUUCAUCUUUGUUAACCAAACGCAACCUCACAUCACGUUUAUCGGCCGUUCUCUCUUCAACUUUCCAGAUCCGACACAUCUCCAACAACACUACUCCAUGCAUCGACGAGCCGCGGUGUAAGAUCUGGAUCGCGGGACUCAUGGGCACUGAAUCAACGAGUCCUGAGUUACGAGAUCUCUUCUACGCCUGUGACAUGGAAGGUUAUAGAAAAACCAAAAGCGGUAAUAGCCAUAACAUGUCAAGAAUUAGAUACAAAAUAAGGUCCGAGUACCAAAUUGAUCCAUGUCAAAUAGUGUACAUGUACCUGAGAUUGAAAGGCGUGAAGGUAAUGUAAUGAGAGAGAGUUUAUUAUAUUAUGUUUGUUUUGGAUCUGAUAUGAUUUGUUUAUUUCGGAUCUGAUUUGCUUUGUUUCUUUCUUUUGAAAAAGAAUAUGAUAUGCUUUGUUUAUUACAGAUCUGAUUUGCUUUGUUUCUUUCUUUUUGGAAAAGAAUAUGAUAUGCUUUGUUUAUUAUUAUGGGAUAAUAUUAAAUUCAACAACAGUAAAGCAUUAUUGCUGCGUUUGAUAAGUUAUUUUUAAUUAAUUCAUGGUGGGGACAUUUGUUCAAUCAUUGAUUUUAUCAAAAAUAAAAUAAAAUAAAAUAAUAUCUACCAUUGAUUUGUUAAUUUAACCUAUUCAAAGUGAUUUCUUUACUUUAGAGUGUAAAAUGCAUAAGAGAAUUGUUGUUCAGCAUUAGCACCAGCACCAGCAUUAGGCUGUUGCCCCACAACUUGAGCCACAACUUUCAAUGCAGCAGCAAUAGCAGCGUCGUUUCUUCCAGCCAUCUUUGUUCUAUACACAACAAACAUCAAUCAAAACAGCAUAAAGACAGUAAUACAACUGUUACUCGACACUACUCGACUCAACUACUUAGCCGGAUGGACCGACCUGCUCUGAUACCAAUUAUAACACCCCGUUUUUCCAACAUAAAAAUUUCAUUUAAAUAAUCAGAUUUUUCCACAUAAACGGAAUGCUACACUUCUUAAAUCAUAAACGAAAAUAAAUAACAAUUUAUUCUUCAAAAAUCCAACAACAUAUCUAAUACUUCGCAGCGGAUUAAAUUCAACAUCUAAAAUAGUCUUGACACAAAGGCCUCAUCAAACAUCUUAUAAAAUUCAAUUUAACAACUUAAUCAUGUAUAUUCAUAAGCAAUACGUAAGGAAUAGAAAAUAGCCACAAAGUUCUCAUCCCGUUAUGUAUCAGAGCACCUAAAGACACACGUGAGAGAUAGUCCACUCACGACAGCAACUUAUUCUCGAUCACCUGCAAGUUACUCAUACGAAGGGCAACAUUUCCAAGCAGAAGGGGUGAGAUUUCACAUUCAAUAUAAUAAGCAUAUAAUUCAUCAAAAGCAUUUAACAACUUAUAUUUCAUCAAUUAAUAACAUUACUCUUAUUAUAAUGCUUCAUUAAUAACUCAAUCAACUUCUAAUCAUUAUUAACUUCAUAUUCAUCGCAUUAUUAACAACUUAGACAUCUCAUACGACUCCAAUAAUUUGGAUCAACAUCUUACAACUUAACAACUUAUACAUCUUAAUGGUAUUAAUUCAUCGCAACAGCAAGACAUCAUCGUUUAAACAUAUGCAGCAAGUCACCAUCAUUAAUAAUCAUCAAUUAUAACAAUUACAACUUCAUAUCAACGUCUUUCACAAUAUAUAAUAUUUUCACAUUUAAUCAUAAAAGUAAAUUAUCAAUAUUAAUCAUCUUAUUCAUCCUCUCUGAACCUCAUUAUAAUCCUUAACAACUUCAUUCCUACCCCAUGGGUCGACUCAUAACAUCACGUGCGACAAAAGAUCGCAAGAAACCUAAACAAGAUUGUCUGCCACAAGGUUACUCGCGAGGCGAGGCUCUCUACUCGCUAUGGCGAGUUCAGAAAAAUGGUGCACUCGCUAUGGCGAACUCACUACUCGCCAUGGCGAACUGAAAAAGGGUGCUCUCGGGAGUUUUGACAUUUUUCACUCAAAAACCUCAUUCCUGACUUCUCUACGUCCAAUCUUGAUCUAAAAACUUGCCCAAUCAUUCCUAAACAGGUUAAGGCACUCAAAACCAUCUAAAACUUGACCUCUAACAUCAACUCACAAAAUCAUGUUUCCUUCACUGGUCAACUCGCUAUGGCGAGCAAAUUCUGGGCUUACUCGCGAGGCGAGAGGGUUUACUCGCUAGGCGAGCGAUGAACUUCGUCACUCGCGAGGCGACUACUCAUACUCUCCAGGGCGAGCGAUGAAUGUUAACUCACUCUUGGUUCUAACAUCAAAACUGAUUCUAAACAUUGUUCUAUGAAUAUUAUAAGGUCUGGACACUAUCUCUACAUCAAUCUAACCGAUUAUUCAUCUUAAUUAAUCAAUUCUCCAUCUUUUAACCUAAUUCUCAAACUCUCAAAAUCAUCUCCCUCUACUUGUUAAAUCCAUUUUCAGAAUCAUACAACUUAGAAUUAGAGAAAGUCAGUCCCACCCUUACCAUAAUAUUGAUGAUCGGCGGUCUCUCUCCCUCUUGGUUCUCCUCUUCUCUUGUUUUCUCCCUUUUUCUCCAAAAAGCAGUUUCACGUAAAAGCUUUGCUAAACUUAGUUUCCUCCUUAUAUCUCUCCUCCAUCCACUUUAUCUUAUUUCCUCUAUUUCCACAAAACUCUUCUAAAUUCCAAAACAGCGCCACAUCUCAAUAUUUAUUUUAUUUUCAAAUCUUAUUCUAGUAAAUAAUAAAAUAAGUCUUUAAAUAACACAUCACAUAAAUCAUCAAAGUGGAUUCUAAACUCUAUAAAAUAAUUAAAUAAUUAAAGAGGGCGUUACAUCAGAGACUCCAAUAUCAAAUGUAGUCAUCUCCACCACCGGCCUAUUGUAACAAGAUGCAACGAUGUGUCCCAUAUCCGGCAAUGUCAACCAUUUGUCGGGAGUUGCAAAGCUACUAGUAUUUUUGGGAGGAUGCAAUCCAUCCAAAAUGUACUUGUAACAGUCCGCGCUCAUAUAUACCUCGAUGUAUUUGUUCCUAUGCUCUUUCAACUCUUUAAUAAGUGCUCUCCGCACCAUAACAUGACUUUCUUCCGUCAAACCCACGCGUUUGGCAAUAGUCCUAAACCCACAAUGUUUGUCACCAAUAACAUCCACAAUUCCGUCAAUGUAUUGUCGUCCUCCAUUAAUCUUCCGGCAAGAAGGUGCCCUGCUACAUACCGCACCAUCUCAUGGUUGUGAACGCCAUUAAGAAUAGCCAAUUUCCAAGCAUUGUUUUCCCUCACGACAUAUCCACGCACCUUGAACAAACACCCACAUUUUCUUGAUCUCGUUGCCUCAUGCUUCACUUUUGUCUUCGGUAAUUUGUGCUCGCCGAACCAACUCCAACAUAGUAUUUCUACCUUCACAAGAUCUUCUAAUGAUAAUCGUAAAUCCAGCCCUAUUUGCUUGUCGACGGACCCAACCGAGCAAUUCGUUUUUAUCUUUCCAUGUGUCUCGGGUCGAAAAUAAAUGAGUCGUGUCCACUUCGUUGUCACGAAGUUUCCACACAUCGGAAUUGACGCUUGAAGCCUCAACUUUAAUGGAAGCUUCGACCUUAGCGGGAGCUUCAACCUUAAUGGAAUCGACAACUCUAGGUUUUUGAUCACCCGAAUCAUCACCCGCAUUCUCAACCUUAUCUAUAAAUAAACAACAUACAAUUACUAAACUAAUUAAUAAACUUUUAUCUAAUAUCAUAUAAUAACAUAAACAAAAAAAAAAAAAAAAGGGAAAAAAAUUGGGCAGUAGCUACUGCCAUUUGAAAAUUUUUAAAAUUUUCUAAGUUACCGCCGACAGUUAACAACCGCUCACACCCAGCGGUAGUUAACUGCCGCUAAAGGUCGUGACAAUACAAAAAAAAACCAGAAAAUUCAAUAAAAUGUAAUGGAUUUUAACGUUGUAAUACCUGUUCUUUGAUGCAUAUUAUGUGUAGAAACAUCCUAGCAAUCGAUCAACAAUGAUUUGGAAGCAAGAUUUUGACACAAAAAUUUUGAAAUGAGGAUUUUUUGGGUAUGGUAUUGGUGAUCUAAGGUGAUGAAUGAAUAGGAGAUGUAGGGGUUUUCUGGUUUUGGGGGGAAAACCAACGGCAAUUAACGACCGCUGGAACCAGGCACGUCAGUUUGAAUGGGUCAACCUUUACUCUAAAUGGCUGAGAUGCGGAGAGCGCAUGGUGAGAUAUCUGCCGGAGAGGGUGCUUCGUUAGUUUGGGUGGGUUCAGACCAUACCAAGACAUCCUGUUCAGAGUGCACCUGUUGAUGUUAACUUGGCGGAGAUCACAAACCGCUUUCAUCGUACACUUGAUUAUACGCUGACACCUCAGGAGUUGGGAGAGAUUGCAGUUCAUGGUGUGGAUGCAGAAGAAGGAUACAUCGAGUGGUUUUACCAGGUGUCUUAUCCACGCACGAUUCUUCCCGACAUGCCGGUACGUGUUCCGAGGCCACCGGAGCGUGAGAUCCUUGAUGCGUGAGCUACUAAGGAGGAUGAAGAUCUUGCGUACUUACAACUUAGCGGAAGGAUGAGCCGCAUCAGAGACCACAUCUAUGUUGUGAUGAGAAAUUGUCUGGUGCCGAAAGGGACUGAGGAAUGGCAGCAUUUGGGGGAUGCAUUGAGAGAGGUGCAUGAUGGGAAAGUUUACCGUCGUCGGGGAGCUACUUAGGGUGGCAGGGGUGGUGGCAGAGGUGGCGGUGGUACGGGUGUAGUUAUUAGGGGCUGAUAGUAUUGUAUUUUAUGUUUAUGUUUGAACAUUUUGAAUGCUUUUGAAUUAUGUAACACCUGGAUAAUUUUUAAUGUUAUGUAAUCUUGGAUAAUUUUUAAUUAUAAUUGAUUAAUGUUUUGUUCGAAAAUUAUGUUGUGUUGAUUAUUUUAAUGUUUAUAAGUUCGAUUUACUGUUAGAACAUGUUAGCGGUAUGAUAUGUCUGUUUGGAAGCAAGCAAAAUGCGCCAAAACAGAGGCUCAGCCAAAACAGAUGGCUUCUGCCUCUGUCCUGAUGCAGUCCAGAUUAUAUAAUCCUGACAGGUUUAGCACAUUCGGAUUAUGUAAAUCAUCGUUCACCCUCCCCCCCUUUGUUGACUUUCAAUGGGGUCAUUUACACGUUUCGGAUUAUAUAAUCCGGAAGCUAUCUAACUUUUUCGGAAUAUAUAAUCCGUAACAAUAUAUUCAUAAAUGGCAUCAUCAUCCAUCAGGGUGGAUGAAGUGCCAAAAUACACGAAUAAAUCCGGAAUGAGUUCGGAUUAUAUAAUUCAGACUAGGGGUAUUAUGGAAAAAAUAUAGGGCGCGCGAGGAAAGGCAUAGGGUGGGAAAAACAACACUCUAAAUCAUAAUGCUUCGAUCUGCACUAUAUAUACCACAAGUCUCACUCUGUUUUUAUUGUGUUUUCUUUUAAAGCUAUAUCUUUUGAUUUUGCAACCCAACCUAGACCACAUUGACUAGAAAGUGCAUUCAACGUAGAGACGUGUACGGUUUUUCCUUCAUGUUAUUUUUUUUUUUCUGCAACAUCUUUGUUCAACUCUUUAUUGAAUGGAAUAUUCGAUUUAUUUAACUAAAGCUUUAAAUAGUUUCCCCAAUAACAAGAUGAAUGGUUGGUUAUAUAAGGAAAUGGAAGAAAAUAAAAAUUAAACUUUAUAUGCAAGAUAAAGACCUAUGCCACUAGGAAUCAAAAUUAUAGGAUCCCAUAAUUAGUUCCACCAAUUUGUCUUUUAAAAAACAACACUUAGUGGAAUCUGUGUAUAUAUACUUUUACCAAAAGUUCAAGAAGCACAUUUUCUUAUGAAAAUAAAGAGAUUUUAACAAGACAAGAAAGUGAUACUUUAGAUUACGUUGGUUUAGUGGCAUUGUAGCACCCUCAUUGCUCCAUUCUCCACUAUGUUUUGCAUUAGCAUGCAUUUAGCUUUGUCAAUAUUAUUUUUAGGUAGCUUUACGCAUUUUUCUUUGGACAUUUUUAUUUUGGAUUCAAUUAAUAUAAAAAAUGUAAAGAUUUUUUAUAUUGUCAAUUAGCAUUUUUUUUCCUAACCUGCCGUAAUUAGAAUCUUUGAUUCUGAAAGAGGUAUUCUCAUAAUUUAGAUUCAUUUGAAUAUGUUAUGAGACUAAUAUUCAAGUUAAUGGACAUUUAUUUAUUUUUUAUUAGAAUUGAACUACCUUCUAUCUCUCAAAUGGACGUCACACAUGUUGUUUUCUUAAAAAAAAUUAUAUUAAAAAAAUUAUAUUAUCAACUCUCUCAAUACCCUCUUUAGUAAAUUGACUUUUAUGAACAUUAAAAGUCACACAUAUGAGAUAAUUUAUUAUGCUUGUAAUAUACUAGUGUCAAACUAAAAUCUUCAAGUCUUUAUUUUACGGUAAGUUUAAACUUCAACAAAGUAAAUAAUUACUUAUAUAUAGAACAUUCCUUAAUUUUAAGGAUAUGAGUGUUACCUUAAUAAACUCGCAAUAUAGUAGGAAAAAAACAUUUCAAGGAAGGAUACGUACAAAGUCCUGUUUAAGAUAACUGGAUAAGUAAAACUUGUUCAAUAUAAUUCAAUUUUAGAUAUAAGUCUUGACUAUACCGGUCUUUAGAUCAGAUAUCGAGUUUUCAAAAAAAAAUAAAAUAGAAUACAAGGAGAACACAAAUUUAAUCGAUCUAAUUCAUAAUUAGCGAUAUAAAAUUGACGAAGUUAAGUAUAUCAAAUUCUAGAUAAGUUUGAUAUAUAUUGGAAGAUGAUGAAUGAACAAACGCGGUCAGCCUUAGGUUAUUUAUUGAUAAAAAAUUAUCCAUCUUUAUCAUUUUUUCUCUUUUAAUCUAAAUAAAUUAUUUUUACAUUGAUUUAAAUUUUUCUUCUGUGAUUCCGUUUUUCAGUUGAUUAUUGUUUUGUUUGUUGUCAAUUGAUAAAGUGAGGCAUUACUUGUUUGAUAAGUUACAUAUAUCAAACUUUUUUUUUGUCAAAUAGUCUAAUGACUAUAGAAUUCACCUUUAACACGAAUUAGUGGGGUGUUGGAGUUUGAAAUCCGACCCUUGCAUAUUUCAAUGCAUUGUCCCUAUCAAUUUAGUUGUGCUCACGGAGAUAAAAUAUAUUAAAUUUUAUAAAUUUGAUGAUAUAAUUCACAUAUAAAAACUUCUAAUUAAUCCCUUCAAAAAAACUUCUAAUUAAUGUAAUAAAACAAUUCUAAUUACUUUCUUUUUGUUUAUUGUUUCAUUCAUAAUAUUAUUAUGUAUGUACAAUACGAUCGAUGCAUGCUAGAACCCUCACAUGACCUUUCAUUUUCUUUCCAUUUCGAUCAUUGUUUACACUUUCAAAUGGCAAUUUUAUGGAUGAUAACAAAACACAUUUGAGCACAAUUAAGGUACAAAAAAUGUUCAAGCCCAAAGGGCAAGAAUAGACAUAGAAGCAGAACCCAUAGUUAAUGCAACAAAAGAAGCCUUUUUCAAACGUGGAUCAGAAUUCAUAAGCUUGUUGUGAAAGAAAUCAGCUGCUAUGAGAUCAACAAGUGCCAUAUAAAUUAGAAUUCCUGAAGAAAUUGAACCUAGUAACCCUUCAAUUAUUAAGGCAUUAGGGUUACUAUCAUCAUAACCAGUCAAUGAGAAUAAUAUCAUCCCUAAAAUUAUCCCCAUUGGGGUUGUUACUGAAAACAUGAAGCACAUGUAUGCCACUGUUCCAUAGCUAAAUCCUGCCUGCAAUUAUUAAUGGUAAGAUAUGUAUUAGCAUAACACCAUGUAACAUAUUUAAGAUUUAAAAGGUUAUUUCUUUUUAUUAUUUCUAUUCUUUGUUGUCCAUUGUAUUUGAACCUAAUGAUAAGAUUUUGACAUUUGGAAAUUCAAAUCUCAUAUGUUAUAAUCUUAAGAUGGUCAAUAGUGACACUAAUUGAUAAUAAUUUCCCAAUCCUCAAUAUUACUAUUAUUUUCUUAUAUAUAUUUGACCAUCUAGACCAUUAGAAUGGGUUUGUGUGACUAGAAGAAGAAAAUUGUUUUAUCCACGUAAGAAGUUGUUUAAAAACACAUAAAAAUGACAAAAAAAACUUCAAUGGUAGUUAACUAAAACUCGUUUUUCUUGCUUGAAGCGAGCUGCAAUUAAAUACCGUUGCGGUUUUUAGUUAUUUUCAUAUGUUUUUUGGUCAAGUAAUAUAUUGGCUAGAAUUCACCUCAUAAGGUGAAUAAGUGGAGUAUCCGAAGUUCAAAUCCCAAUCACUACAUAUAACAAUACAUUAUCUUUGUCUACUGAGAUAUGCUCCCAGUGAUAAUUUCAUGUGUUUUUAAGCAACUUCUUACAUGAAAAAGAAAUUUUCCAAAAAUAUAAUUAUGGGUAAAGGUGUAAAAACAUUAUACUAUUUGACCAUUUAAACCACCAUCUUUCUAUUAUUAAAAUAUUUGUCACUGACUUUGGUCAACAUGUUAAUUUUUGACCAUUUAAACCAUCAUCUUUCUAUCAUUUUCCAAAUGACUUUAUGACUUUGGUCAACAUGCUAAUUUUUUUUGAGUGGUGAUACAUGUACACCCCCAUGUGGCAAUACACCUCUUACACCCACACAAAAUUUUGACAUGUGGCAAGGAAAAGAGAGAGGAGAUGAAAGAGAAAGUAUGGUUGUGAGAUAAAUUUACCAAAAUAUCCUUAAUGCAUGGGCUUACAAUAGGGUGUAUGAUUAAAGGAUGUUCAUGUAACAUUUUCCUUUUUUUUCUAACAAAACUAUGUGUUUGUCACUGAAAUACAAUACAAGUACAUAUAUUGUUGUUUUCCUGGACAGAGUGGACAACAUGUUGAGUUGUCAAGAAAAUGAAAGAGUACGAGUAGCUAAAAUCAAGUUCUGUCAUGAAGCAACAAUAAAAACAAAACAAUAGAUUUGGAGAUAAGAAUCUCCAAGUCCCCAACAAAUCAACAAUAAUGAAAAUCAAUAAAAUCAUCUUCAACAUCAUUACACGUUUAAACAAAAUCAUGUAGCCACUGGGCUAGGAAUUCAAAAAUUGAGGUUCGAACUCUGACUUCUGCAUGUAUGUUAGACUUAUAUAGUAACAAUAUCACUGUAAUUCUAGUAUCAAUCAUAACAUCCAAUUAACUUUUUAUCUUUCAUAAAUCCUCUCUCUAAUAAAUAUUUCUCAGCAAUGAUAAUAAUCAAAGUAGAGCAAGAGAAAGAAAGAAUUAAGAAACUAACCUGAGCAACACAACCACCAAGACCCAUCCCUUCAAAAAUCUGAUGAAAAGCCAAAGCAGCAACUAAAGGCCUUAUAGUACAAACAUUUUGAGACAUACCCAUAGUCACACCAAUUAUAACUGAAUGAAAUAUUAUCCCAAUCUCCAAUACUUGUGAAACCAAUCUUUGUUUCAAUUUAAUUAACUCUUCCCCUCUUUCACAAUCUCCUUCACCACCUUCCAACUCCAUCUCUUUCUCACCCACCGGCGCAUACUGUCCGUGCUCCACGUGGGAACUCGCUACGAGGUCCACGAAGAGCGCGAGAAUUGCGCCGAUGAGAGUUACUAGUCCUGAGAAGGGAAAAUCCUUCCAAGGAUGACGGGAUGCCACGUGGCAGUCAGCGAGUGCUGCGUAGGCGUCUGGGAGGACGUGGACUAGGGAAGUGGAGAGUAUCACGCCUGCCGCGAAACAUUUUAUUAAUACUAAUGCUCUAUCGUAUAACGGUUUUCCUUGGAAGACACGAGCUAAAAGUACUGGCGCCGUCAUACCGACGGCGCUGGUGAUGAAUAUGACAAAGAGGGAGAUUAUUUUUAGAUGUGAUGCCGCGGCGCCGUCGCGGCAUGAGGUUUCUCGAGCUAUGUCUUGUGAACAUGAUGUUGCCAUGUGAGAGAGAAGUGUUGGGAGAGAGUGAAUGUGUUUGAAGUUGAAGAUGACGAGGAAGGUUGUUUUGAAGAGGGAAAAGAAAGUGAGUGAUAAAUGAUGUGGACCAGUUUCUGUUUUUGUUGUAGAUUAUGCACCAUGUGGGGUAUCCUAUAGAUGUUGUUUUCCAUUGUUACGUGUUGGAAUCUUGAAUUAUUCUUACACUCAUUUGUCAUUUCUCUUUUCUUUCUUUUUUAGAUUUCUAAGAAAAUAAAUUUUGAAAACAAGUGAUAAUGAUAACAACACUUACUCUAACUUUUAUUUUGUUGUCAAAAAUAAAUCGACAAAUAUCAUUAAAACUCACAUAUAUAACUGUUCAAUAACGAGUUUAAAAUCGGAUGAACGAAGAUGUACGUCAUAAAUUUUGACAAAGACAACAAAGGUAGGGUUUGUCAAAAAAUAAAACAGAGGCUGGUCUUACAUACAAUCCUAUUUUUAUUGCUAGCUUAUUGAUGAAACAUGUUUUAAUGGAGCUACUUGUAUUUUAUUUAAUAAAAGAAUCGAUAUUACAAAAGAGAGUUAUAGUAUAUGUUACUUACAAAAUAUAUAUAAUUGAAUAAAGUAUUGAGAUUUUUUUUUUGGUUGAUGUUGAUAUUAGUAAGUUUACACAUGACCUGCCUAACACGUAUUAAGAUUUAUUACGAAAUUUGAAAACUUAGUCACGGUUGUAAUAUGGAAGAGAUAACAUAAAUUUUAGUUUUUUACAAAUUUUUUACGAGGACAAUAUAAUUUUUUUUUGACAAAGACAAAUAUAAAAAAUAAAAUCUAUUUUUAAACUUCAAUACAUUAAAUUUAAAGAUCAUGCAAACUUGUGUCUUAAGGACACAUGUUAAAGAACUAUAAAUAAUAAUUAUUGAUUUUAUCUAUGGUACAUUAAUAAAUAGGGAGCUUCUAUGAAGAAGUCGAGAAAUUGACUUUUUUAGUGAAGUCGUUUAAUUCAACCAAUCAGAUUUCAAGUCAUGACACGUCAGAUGUUGGGAUAAAUUUUAAUAUGGAUCACUUGCUUCAUAUGUUCCACCAUAGACAAGUUUAUUUCAAAAUUUUAACGGUUAGAUUUGUUUGGUCUCUAUGUUAUUGUGGUACACCCUCUACACAUGAUUUUUCUUAUUUUUCCAAUUCUCUUUCCUCUUUAUCACUCAUUCAUCUCUCUCAUAUUUCUUUCUCUUUCUUUAUUUAUCCAUAUUCCCUUUCUUCCAGAUUUUUAUCAAAUCACUAUGUCACUCUUCAACAUCUUCAUCAUACAUUCAUCGUCUUCAUCAUCUUCAUGUGAAAAAAAAUCGGAAAAAAAAGAAGAAAAAGAAAUUACAAAAUUAAAAAAAAAAACAUAAUAAGUAAUUACAAUUGCAUAGAAACAACAACAACGACGUAAAAAUGCAGAUGAAGCUAUAGAUCCAUCACAAUAAACCUACCAUAGAUUCCAAAACGUCAACAACAAUUUUUGGUAUUUUUUCUUGAAAUUAAAUUUAUUUAUUUCAAUUUGAUUGCUUAAAGUUACAAAACAUUGUUUGAAAUCGCAAAAAAAUGUUACUUUGUUCAUGAAUGUCUUAAAGUUAUGUUGUUUUGGUUUUGGAUCGCAUGGGUUUUAACCGGGUCAUUAUGACCCGUCUGGAGGUAGAAGAUGAAGUAUUAAAAAAAAUUAAAAAAAACAUCUUUCAACAUUAUGGGAAUCGAACUUGUGACCAACCAUUUAAAAAUGUUUGCCUUAACCAACCAACUAACCACUAUGUUUUGGAAAAUUAGGCGUUUUGAUUUUAUUUAAUGGGUUUUAAAUUAUAUUGAAUGAACAUAUAAUUAUCAUUAAUUUCAUGCUUUAGAAAUUUCAAUACUACUCCUUUUUAUAAGAUACAAAUGUAGAAAAAUUCACCGACCAAGAAAAUCAAUUUUUCUACUGUACUACCGGAAAUUAUAUAAAAAACAAUUAUAUUGAUAAUUUUUUUUUGUUGAUAAUAUUAUUAAACUUUUAAAGAUAUCAAAGAAAAAUCAUAAGCAAUAAUUUAAUGUUUUUACUAAUAAAAAUUCUUUUAUGUGUAAAUAAUAUAUAUUGUUUUUCUUAUUAUUUAUGUCAUAAUAUAUUGUUUUUCUUAUAAUUAAUAGGAAAUUGACCAUAAAGUCUAUCAAAACAGUGACACUAAGAGCACGACUGAAGACAAUUUUGAAAAAUUUAUGAUACAUAAAAAUUCAAAAUAAAAUCACUUCUCUAACCGUACCCACUAAAGUAAAGUCAUAGCCCUUAUGUUUUAAAAAUUGGACAUGUCAUUAACACAGCAAGGGUAUUGAACUAAAUUAAAUCAAUUGACUUAGUUGAAUAGUUGGUCUCUAUAAAAAAAUUGUAGGUUCUUGUUAAUCGAUGUCUUUAGGGUAAUAGUUAAAGAAUUUACAAAUAAAUUUUUUUCUUAAAAAUAUUUAAUAAAAAACAUUUAUUAAUGUUGAUAUUUUGAAAGAGUCAUGAGUUUUCAAAAUAAAUAAAUUUCUUUUGGAGAUAUUUUAAAAAUAAUAAUGAAAUAUUAAAGUUUUAUCUUCGAUGUAAGUUGAUCUGACAAACUAUCACAUUUGAAACCUAGUCAACAUGGAAGGACAUUGAUUUGACGAUCAAAACGAACCAAAUCGACUAACGAUAUCAAAUAUAAUCAAUCAGACCGUUGAGUAUGACCUUAUUAGAAUAAGAACGAAGUAGGAACUGGGAUUUUGAAAAUCAGAAUCUUCGGUGUAAGUCGGUCUUACAAACUAUCACAUUUGAAACCUAGUCAACAUGGAAGGACAUUGCUCCAACGAUCAAAACGGACCAAAUCGACUUAACGAUGUCAAAUAUAAUCAAUCAGACCGUUGAAUAUGACCUUAUUGAAAUAAGAACGAAGCACGAACUGAAAUUUUGGAAAUCAGAAUCUUUGAUGUAAAUCAAUAUGACCAACUAUCACAUUAGAAACCUAGUCAACUAGGAAGUACGCUUGUCCGAUGACUGAAAAGAGUCUAGGUCACAAACGAAAAACAAAUAUAAUCAAUCAGACAUUUGAAUAUGACCUUAAUAGAGUAAGAAGGAAGUAGGAAUUUGAAAUUUGCAGAUCGAAAUCUAAUUGGUAAGUCGAUCUGACAAACUAUCUCUUUAGAAACCUAGUCAAUCGAGAAGUACACUUGUCCAACGACUGAAAAGGGUCUAGGUCACAAACAGAAACAAAUAUAAUUAACCAGACCGUUUAAUUAGAUUAACUUUUUUCUAUAAAGAUAUAGGAGUACAAAUAAAUAUCAGAUCGACAAAAUAUUUUAUUUAAUCUUUUUAUUAACCAGACUGUUUAAUAAUUUUUAUUUUUAAAAUCAAUAUUUUAUUUCAAAUAAAUAUCUCAACAAACUAUUGAUCUUAUCCAUAGUAAUAUCUCAACCAGACCGUUUAUGUAAUACUUUCAAUCCUAUCCAUUAAAUAUUUCACUCCAUUUGUUUAAUAAUUUUUGGUUUAAUGAAUGAACGGUUACUUCAAUUUUAACAUUAUUUGUUUCAAUAAAUUUAGUUUUAUAUUUAUUUUUGAAUUUAGAAAUUUUCAAUAAGUAGUAGUAUAAAUAUAUAAUAUAUUUCACCCAAUUAAUAUAACAAGUACUUGAUAUAGUGGUUAGUUUUUCAAGGAUUUACUUUUAAGUACACGGUUCGAAACCUUGAGCCUUCAAUAUUUUCAAAUUUUGAGUAUUUUUUUUCUAUAAAAGUCAAAGAUGUUCCAAAGUAAUUGCGCAUUUAUUUUGGUAUUUACUAUUAUCAAUAGGCAUACCAAAUCUAAUAAAUGCUUAAUUAUGUCUAUAAUGAAAGAAAUCCACAUGUUAACUUUUUUAUCAUGAUUUUUUCUUAGCUUUCCUUAAAAAAAUUUGCUACCGUAUUAAUUGGAAAGGAAUUGGAAAACAUGUCAAUUGCAAAACAAAAAUAAAAAUAAAGAGAGCAGGGAUCGAGUCCGCGACCAAAAUGUUUUGAAAAUUUGCUAAACCACUACAAUGCAUACAAUCCAUUUGUUCCUUUUUUCGCUCGUUUCUAUUUGUAAUAAAAAGUCCGAUUAAAAAAAAAGUGGAAGUCGUCUUCAACCUCCAACCGGGUCGUCUGAACCCGAUUCAGACCAUUGGCAUCCGAAAUUGAACCCGAUGAUUUGUACUUAUUUUCAAGGUCGAAAAUGAUGAUUAUAAUUCGUUUUCAAUACUCUUCUAAUUCUCCUCUUCCUUCCUAUCUAUUUAAAUCACAAAAUCAGGUGUUUGGAAAAAAUGUUGUGUUGUUCAAACAACAUUUAAACCAUCGUCGGAUUACUGCUGUUAUCGUCGCGUUCAUCCUAUCUUUGCGGCCUAUGUUGCUGAAUAUUACGACAUAGAUCUGGAAACUUUAAUAACACAAAUCAUGACAUUUUAAUUUUUGGAGGUGAAUUUGAGUAGCUAUUUUGUUUUUUGUUCAAUAAAGAAGAUGAUGAAGGUAUGAACAUGGUGAUGAUGUUCAUAAUCUUCCUGGGUUUAUUUAUUUUUAAUAAUGAAAUAUUUUUUUAUAAAAAGGAUUAUCUUAAAAAGGUUUAUUUAAAUAUUUUUUGAAAUAGAAGGAAGAAAAAUUCAAAAAGGAGAAAAGAAAUAAAUAUAGUGUGAAAGGCAACACAAUAAUACUAGUGAAAUGCUUAAUCUGAUGAUUUAAAAAAUCUAAAGGCUAAAAUACAAUUAAAUUUGACUGAAGGUACACAAUACAUACCAUGCAUCCGCCAGUAUAACAUGGCAUAACUAACACACGUGGCGUGUUCUUAUUAGCUGUAGGGUUACUUCACCGAAAAAGUCAUUUUGACAACUUCACCGUAGAAUUUCCCUAAUAAAUAAGUACUCUAAGAACACAUGUUACCACUUUUCUAAAUUUAAUAAUAAAAAUAACAAAAAUAAUACUUAUAUAUUGUAAGUAAAAGCAUAACUUAAACAUAAAUAAAAAUAGAUGAUAAAUAUUUUAAAAGUUUGAACUUGAUGAAACUUUAAGUAGUCAAAUUUAUUCAUAAUUGACUAUAUACUAAAAUAUUCUAGCAUUUUUUUCAACGCGAACCACUAAAUUAUUUGCAAGAAAAAAUCAUCGACUUUGUACCAAAGUCUUCUUGCCUUGACAAUUUUUAUUACCAGAAAUAUCUCUCUUUCUCUCUAUAGUUCUUGUUAUAUCUCUUUCGAUCAACGAACUUGUUUGGAUAGAUAAAUGUAUUUUGAAGGUAGCUAAAUUUAUUAAAAAUGUAUAUAUACUUUUUUUUGUUAGGAAGUAUAUAUACUUUUGGGUAGUCAAAGAUACCUCGUGAUUAUUAAAGGCUACAACCUUGAUUGUAAUUGAGCAAAACAAUGGUCACUCAGAAAAGUGAAUGCUUUAUAUAAAUGAUGGUACGACAAAUAUUGCGGUUAUGUGGCCAUGAUGUUGUAGAGAUUAUGUCAUUAUCUAAGUGAUCAUAUGCGAAUAUAUUUUAUAUAGAUAGCAAGGCAGUGAAAGAGAGAAUUGUGUUACAUGUGAAGUGAUUUUUCCUAUCUUAGAACUCUAUUUGGAAUAAGUGUAUCUUUGUAUUCAACUUCUAGUUUGAAGGUGCUUAUGAGUUUAUGCUUUCUUCCGAUUUUGUGUUGUAUAUUAAACAUUUUAAUUUUAUGAUAUGGUUAUAAUGUAGAUUAGGGACCAACUUGUGAUUGGUUUGAGAUUUGAGUGGUAAGGAACUCGAGUACUUUAAACAAGUGGUCAGAAGUUUGAUUUACGACUCUUGUAUUUGAAGAAAAUCUAAUUGGAAGAGAAGAAUUUACCUUGUAUGUUCAAUAGGCUUUGCGGCGAGAUCAAUCAUGACUAAGCGGCAAUGAAUAUAUCAUAUCUAUAACAUGAAUAUAAAAAAAAAAAUAUAAAUCCGAGAUCAUAUAUUUGGGAAAAUAGUUAACUUUCAUUGAAUGACAAUAUAAAACUUGUAAUAAAAUAAUAACAAUUGCUCUUUUCAAAAUAAUAAUAAUAAUAAAAAUAAAAAUAAUAACAAAACCAUAAAAAAAUUCUAAAAUGUGUGAAAUCAGGAUUUGAGCAGGAAAAUUUUAAAUUUUUUACAAAAUUAAAUUUAACAUAUUGUUUUGGUGAAUUUAAAUAAAAAGAAUAGUAAAAAGGUGGCACUUUGAUUUUUUAAAUAAAUAGAACAGUGAAAAAAACUUUACUGUAACAAAUAUAUUAAAGUCAAUCAAAACUUUAAAGGAUUUUUUUCUCAAACAAAAAAUUAAAGGAAUCAAACAUAUAACCAAUAAAAAGAAAGAUAGUAAUAGAGUAAAAAGUGUAAAAAAAAAGCCUAUUUUUCCAUAUAUAGACCUUGUUGGAAAGUUAAAAGAACAAAAAAAGCCUAGGAGAAUUAAUGGUUUAGACUAACGAAUGGGUUAUGGUCGGGUCUAAACAUGACCCCUAAUUCUGGGUUCUAGAAAUAUGGCCUCUAAUAGUAAGUAUUUUAAAUCAAUAAAUACCAAGAAAUAAUAGAUUGUUUAUUAUUUAUUGGUAUUGGUAUUUAUCAAUAAAUACCAAUAUAAAUAAUAGUAAGUAUACUGUUUUUUGAGUACACAAUUAAAAAUCAAUAAAUAAUAGAUUAUUGGAAUACCUCAUACUAUUAAAAAGAAUAAGUGAGUUUAACUCUUAGAAAAAGUGCUAAAAUCUAAGGUUAUGGGACCUUGAUUAAUGACUUGUGUAAAAUAUGACGUACAAGAGAUGCCUUUCGGCUGCUACGAAAAAUGGAAUGGCAAGUGGUUCCUAACAUCGUAAUCUAUAACAUGAUCAUUGAUAGUUCAUUUAAAGACGGACUUCUAAUUCAGGCACGACGUUUAAAUUCCAAGAUUGUUGUCUCUUUGAUGAAAUGCAUGUAAAAAUCAGCUUUCUAAUAUUGUAACUUAUAGUUCUCUUAUCAAUGGUUUGUGCAAAUCUGGGAGGAUCUCUUGUGCAUAGGAACUUUUUGGUACAAUCAGUGAUGACGGUCCAACACAAUGUUAUCACUUACAAUAGAUAAAUGCUUUCUGCAAAAUCCUAAAUAUUGACAUGGGAAUUUCCUUAUUUGUACUAAUGUUUGAAAGGGGAUUGACUCGUACAGUUUUGACUUGUAACAUCUUGAUUAAAUAGGUAUUGCAAGAGUUAAGAGGAUUGAUGAAGCCAUUAACCUCUUAAGUGAAAUGUAUAGCAAAAAUUGGGUUCCUGAUUCUGUAACUUAUAAUUCUCUUAUUGAUGGCUUGUCUAAAUCUAGGAUUAUAAGUUACAAUAUGUGUUCCUGUUGUGAAUCCCAAUUAAAACUCACACAAAUGAAAUAAACAAUGAUGUGUGGAGCAAGAGAUAGUGGUAAUCUAUGAGAACAAAUGGUUUUCAAGCAACAACAACAAAACAGCCCUAGACUAGUGUAUAGCAAAAUCACAUAUAUAGAUAACAAAGCAUAAACAAGAUAAGUAAGAAAGGAAGAACAAAACACCAAGAAGAUUGUUGACUCAGUUCAGCCAAUGUGGCCUAAUCUGGGGGAGAGAGCAGCUCUCCAAUCCAAUAUGAGAAAGUGUUACAAAGGGUUACAAGAAACUCUAGCCUUCAAGCUUUACACAUGAACAAACCAUAGAUUCUACCCUUUGGUGUUUCCCCACUCUCACAAUAUGAACCCUAAAGAGAAGUCACUAGAGGAAGCUUUAGAUCCUUCCAACUAAUGAACUCCUCCACUACCCAAGGUGAUUACAAUGUUUUUCCCAACCCAAGAGACACUCUCAACAAAGACACUCAACCCAUUGGUUCCCUCCUUUGUUAUCCAAGUUCUCUUAGACACGAUUUGCAUCUGACCCAAGAUUGACCAGUCCUUAUCAGAGAUACUUAACGAGCAAGUUUCUGAAUCGUGUCACGAUUUCCCAAAAUCGUGUCACGAUUUGGCGUCCUGCAAACUGGCUCACGGCACCUCGAAAUCGUGUCACGAUGCCAAAAUCGUGUCACGAUUUCUCUGUUCUUCCAGACCACAAAUUUGAAGCCAAUAUCAACAGUUCCUGAUGUGCUGCUUAUCAAUUGAUUCUAGGUUUUCUUAUGUAGUGAGUGAGUGAAUGGAGUUGACUCAUACUCUACAAUGACGUGAGUUUAAUUUUCAUUGUCGAUGUUAGGAUUUUGUUGAUGAAUAAUAUGUAAGUAAGAAAUUGACUCAUACUUUAUAAUGGUGUGAGUUUAACUUUCAUUGUGAAUGUUAAUAUUUUCUUGAUAAGUUGAUAGUAUGCAAGUACAUUUUGAAGGAAAAAAAUUACUAAUAUUAGUGUAACAUCUAAAUUUCAGUAAUUUUUUUUACGAAAGGCAUCAUUGAAUUUAAUUUGCUAAAUGAUAAUGAAAGAUCCAGGCAAAUAAAUUAUAAUGAUGGAUAAUGGCCCUAUUUAUCCCCUAACAAUUUUUUUUUUCUUUCAAAAAAGCCAAAUAUUUUAUUAAAAUAUGAGUCUAACACACACCUAAGAACUUAUUGCUUUUCUGAUAAAUUGCUUAGCCUCCUUUGCUGAUAAACCUUGGGUGAAUGAAUAGGAGGGUGAAUAUUUUUUGGAAGUUACUUUUUCCAUCUUUUGAGUUUCUCGUUUGCCCUAUUCGGAUUUUAAAAUCCAAAAUAUUUUAACGUAUUUUGGAGAAUUUUAUAAAGUGUUUAUGCUCAGAACUACAUAGAAAACGAAAAACUGAAUAAGAUGAGAAAAGAAGGUCUCAUAGUUUUUAGACAUUUCACUGAUAAACUAUAGAUGAAUACAAACCACUUAACCACAUCGUGCAAUUAAGUAAAAAUAAUAAACCCUAUAAUGUGCCUUAAGAAUGGUUAAGGAGUACAAUUUAAUAAUACAUUUUUCAGAGAUUAAUUUCCUUUUGGUGUAUAAUAUAGUUUUGAAUUGAUGCAGGAAGAUAACCCAAUUUUACAGAGAUUAAGAAAAUCUAUAUAUGGAGUUAAACUCACAAUGAAAGUUAAUCUUUGAAGAAAAUGUAAAAUUAAACUCCAUAAAAUUGGUCACUGAAUCUAUAUAUGGAGUUUUGACCAAUUUUGGAGAAGGAUUACAAAAUUCAAUCCAAGCAGUUAGUUUUUACAAAAAUGGAUUCAAAAACAUCAAAUAAUAUAUGGAGUUUACAUUAGAUCACUACUUAAAAAUGAUUAGUAUUGUUACUUUGUUCAAAUGAUUUCUACUAAUAUGGAGUUUUUACAUUAUUAGUGAAAUACAUUCUGAACAAUACAAUAUGGAGUUUUUACAUUAUUUGAUGUUUUUGAAUCCAUUUUUGUAAAUAUGGAGUAGUGAUUAAAAUGAUCACUACUCCAUAUUAGCAGUUAGUUUUUUUGAACCAUAAAUAUUAGUAUUGUUCAGAGUGUAUUUCAUAUGGAAAUCAAACCCUCCACCUCCUCAUCUCUUCAGUCCUUUAACUACCCACCCCACAUUGCCAACCUUAUUGAACAAUUAACUAGUAAAUAAUUUUUUGAUAAAACAAAUGAACAGUUUAGUAUUUAACACUUCUAACAUGCAAAGAGUACCGGAAAAAAUAUCCGAAUGAAUUCAUAAGCAAUUCCCCAACUCACAAUUAGAAACUUAAAUCCUUAUUCUAUCACUUAACACGUAUCAACGAGCAACACGCAAAAAAAUAGUGUUACCCUAAGCUAGCCCAUACAAUAUUACAUUACAUAAAAGGUUACAAUCUACAAAACUAAUGCAGCAACCCUUUUCAAUGAUUCAGAUGCCUUGUGAACAUCGGACUCUGAAUGCCCUGCAGAAACAAACAAUCUUAUUCCUACAGGCAAACGGCACUUGUCUAAUGUUGAUCUUCGAGAAGUCGCCACAAAUACAGAAUCUUCUUUCAAAACCUGUGAAUACAGAACAAUAAAUACCAGCAAAACCGAAAGUAAGAAAUAAACAUUGUCACAACAAUUCUUACACGUUCGGCAAUAUUUUCAAGCAGGCGUAGGUCAUCAUUCAAAGAACCCGUUGACUUCUUUAUUCUCAAAUAAACAAUUGGUGACUCUGGAUGACUCACAAUCGUGAAGCCUGGUAUUUCCAACAACCCUGCAGUAGCCAAUGCAUCUCAUAUAAAAGUUCUCAACAAAACAAUAAAAUGAAAUAAUAGACACUACAAUACAAUUCCAUUUAUGAAAGUAGCAGCGGUGAUAUCAAAGCCUACCUUUCCAUAACACAGCAAUGUUGUUCUUCAACUUUGUUAAUAUAUUGGGAUUUUCGUCAAGGACAUCAAUAGCUGUAAUUGCAGCGCUUGCAAGAUAUGGAGGCAAAGAAGCAGAAAAGACGUAGCCAGAGCUGCUCAAUCGCUGUAAGAGUUGAAAACACAGACAUUAGCGGAGGGAAAAUGAACGAGAAAUAAUAGCAUGAUCAACCAAUCACUUCGCCUUGAAAAUAAAUUCUUAAUUUCAGUACACUUGGAAAUCUAAGUUGGUUUAUGAAUCAGUAUUACAAAUGACACUACCAUACCUGGUGAUCUAUAACUCUUGCACUUCCGGUGCAGAAUCCUCCUUCUGUGGCCAAUGCAUGUCCCAUAGCAGCAGUUAUAAGAUCUAACUUCUCAACCUGCAGCACACGACCACAAUCACCAACAGCAGUAGAAAUUUGAAUGCAUUAACGGUGAAUCUGGUGGGACUGUAUGCACCCACACCCAAACGGAGAUUUUCGGUACAUACUGGAACUCCGUAGUGUUCAGUGAGACCUCUUCCAGAACUUCCAAGCACACCAAAUGAGUUGCUCUCAUCCAGUAAAAUACGAAACCGAUAUUUUUCCUUCAAUUUAAUGAUAUCAUCUAAGGGUGCUAUUUGACCAGAAUUCUGAAAUUUUUAAAAGUAAACAUAUGUUAACAAAUAAUGAUCAAGCAAUUUUAGUUUUCACUUAAAUGCUAGUAUGAAAACUAGUGAAAGAAUAUCUACUAUAAGUCAGAAUAGUUGACAAAACCAGAGCAAAUAGCAAUAGUGUUUUAAAGAACGACAUUGCAAUAGGCACCAGUCUAACAGCAACACCAUAUGCUCACAAUUUGUGUUUUUAAUACUUCGUUUAUAUCUUCAAUUUGCAUCUGUUUAUUAAUUACCAUACUAUCUCACUAGAAAUAGUAGUUCAUAUAACAACUUGCCAAUACUUCAAAUUGCAAGAAACGGGUAAUUCAUUCAACUGAAGGCUGUGAGCACUCCACUCGAAACACGAUAUAGAAGUGCAAAGCUAAUAAAAAUACGCUUCAACAAAAAUAAAAAUAUAACGCUAAUAUAGAAGUGCAAAGCUAAUAAAAAUAUAGAAGUGCACGGCUAAUAUACACAACAUCUACCUGGUAGAGAGCUUCGACAACAAUAUAACGCCUCAAAUUCUUGGUGUGCUUAUACUUAGAAGUAAGCUUCUCUAAAGUUUCUUCUAAAGAAUCCAUGUCAUUGUGCUUAAAAUACACGACAGUGCUUCUAGAAAGAUAAAGGCCAUUCUGUAUUCCCCAGUGGACUCCUUCAUCCCUGUUAAAAAAUACAAAAUUAUAUAUGAAACUAGAGCCUACUUGAAAUAUCACAGUUAUAUAAAGUGGAUGAAAAAAGAAUUAAGUUCAUUCUUCACACCAUUGUAAUAAAAAAAGUAAAGAUGGUAAUAAAACCAUCCAAAUAGUUCUAUAUAUGUGGUGUAUGGUUAUCAAUGCCCAAUAUAAAUGUCAUCAGACAAAAAAAUUGAACAAAAAUGGAUAGUAGAUGCUUAAAGUUAUGCAUACUUACGCCACAAUUAUAUCUCCUUUUUUAGAAAAAGCAGGAAUAGCACUGAACAUGGUGGAAAGUCCAUAAGAGUAUAGAAUUGAAUCAGGCGUUCCUAAAAAUUUUGCUAUUCUUGCUUCACAGUCAAGAUGUACAUCUGCACAGGGAAAAGUAUCAUAAGAGAACAUGCAUUUCCUCAAAAACAAACUUUAAUAUUAAAGCCUUACCAAUUGUUCCAUAAAAUCCACGGGGGCCACAUGAACCAACACCAUAUUUCUCUAAAGCAGAAGUGCAUGAGUCCUACAAUAUAAAGUAAAUAUAGAUUCAGUGUACUGAAGCACUGGUCAAGAAAAAGAAUUUAUUGAUAUGGGAUCAUGUCCUUACAAGUAACUUUUGAUGACCUAUAAGCCCAAGAUAGUUUGCUGAAGCAAAAUUGAUAACUUCUUUACCAUUAACUAUGGUAUGUGGGCCAGCAGCACUGCAUAAGAAAUUUAUCGCAAUCAGUAUUUUAAAAAAUGGAUAAUUGGCUGUUUUUUCACAAUACUGUUUAACUUACAUAUUAUGAGCUUAUCAUGUCAUUUAUCUGUCUAGAGUGCAAACUGUAAUCCUAAUGUCUCAUUUAUGUAUCAAUUAAGAUCAUUACAAAAACUUGUCAAGAGAAUAUACUUCAACCAAAACUACUUCUAGUGAACUAUACCAGUCUCUCUCUAUUAUCACAAUCUUACAUGAACCUUCCUAAUUUUAACUUCAAUAAAACGAACAGCUUCCCUAUAUGCUAUGAUAAAAGUUAGCAAUGAGGAAAAUGUAUGACAUACAAGGGAGACAUCUGAAAACGUAUGAAAUCACAUGAGAACUUUUAAUCUACACUAAUUUUCUUUAUCGCAAGAUAAGAAGAAAAAUGAUUUAGAAUCUAAAGGGUGGUCUUGUCCAGUGCAUAAGACUGCCACUGUAGUGGGGUCCAAGUAGGGUCUGAACUGACAACCUUAACCUUGCUACUAUGACUACCAUGUCACAAGGUGGAAAACCUACCAAUAUGCUAGGGCUUAUCCUAAAAAAAGUUCAUGAGUUUAAGUCAAAUAAAUGUAACCAUGGCAGUGAUGUUGACAAGUGCAAAACAUAAGAUUAUUUCAGGGAAGGAACGCAGACAAUAAAGCACACAAGUAACAAAUUUGAAAGUGUGCAAAACAUUUAAAAUGAUAAUAGAUGAGGAUGCUACCACAAAAGUAAAUGUAAUCACCUCUCCAGCACUGGUGGUUCAUAGUGCAUAUCUUUAUCAAGAGAAGGAAUAAGCGAUUGUGGAACCCAUUCAUCACAUAACUCGUCAAUUUCCUGCAGAAAUUAAGAAUAAAUUUAGAACAUGUCAAAAUAUAACACAAUGAAUCUCGAAUUAGAUUGUACAACACUACAACUAACAUGGAACACUAUGGUUAGAGUUCCACAUUAAUUUAAAACCAAAAAAGUUAGACGACAACCAACUGUUUUGAUCAUGAAUGAUGGGUCGACAGACAAAGGCAUUCGUUCUACUACUUUUUGGUGAACAAGCGACUGUAAGGGAACAAUUUUCCUAUUUUCAUUGGACACUUCUGACUUCUAAAAAAAAAAAAUAUGUAUUUGAAGAUGCUAGAUGAUGAAAUCAAAUUUGUAUCUGAGGAGUAUCAAGUAUGCAGUCGACAUGGUUAUGAAUACUGCUGAAAAUUUCAAGGUAGCAAGGGAAAUGUAAUCAUAAAGGGAAAUGUAAUCAUAUGCUGAAAUAUCUAAAAAGACUAACGGUUCAUCAAGUUACCGUAAAGGGGGGAAGAAGGAUAACCACGGACAUAUACUCUAGAACAAUGCUUAUUACCAUGUUGAAGAAGUCCAAAUAUGGGAGGAAUUUGACCAGACCUAUUAUGACUAGAUUUGUUACUACUAAUUUGGUUAUAGUUUGUAUCAGUGAUCUAAAAGCAUCAUUGAGAAGUAUGUUUAGGUCAAGGUCAAAUGAGUGAAAAUCAAGUAGGUUCGGAUCUUGGCAAGAGGGAAGAAAAGUAGCAAACAUUGUUUUAGAAGGUUUGAUUCGGAAGAAUGUAAUCAUAUCAUAUGCCUCAAGUUAGCUGUAGUUUCAUGGAUGUUAUAUUCUCCAUGAUAAUGGAGAUGAUCUUCUUGUAGGAUUGGACAUUUGAAUGACGAAUGAAUCAGCUCUAGUUUUUAUUUUGAAAUUUUUUAACAUUAGGAAUUCAUGUAUGAUUUGGUAUUUAUGUUGUUUGAUCUGGUGUUAUCAUUGGAGCGCUACAACGCUGAAGCGGGGCAUAGCAGCCAAUGAACAUCACUGCACCUUCCAUAUUGUUGUGGUUGUGUGCAUCAAUAAUAGCAGGAAAUGCCACCACCCCAUGAGUACCCAGGAAAAAUAUCCACAGAACAGUCGGAAAUUAAUUUGGGCUUUUGUGGGGGUAUUUUAGGGAUAUUGAGUUAAAACACUCAAGAGCAUGAGUUGCAUUAAAGUUAAGGCUUUGUUCCCAGUCUCUUUUGUCAAAACCUGAAAACAUCAAAAUGUUAGGGCAUUUUUCCCGAUUACUCCAGAAAUUUUAUGCGUCUCUCUCCGGCGAUUCUCUUUCUAGUUAUGUCCUCUCUCUGUAGAUUCUCUCUUGAACUUCUCUUUGCAUCUCCAGUGAUUCUGUCUCACGUGCAUUUGAGUAUAUUUUAGUGCUUCUGUCUCUCUGCAUCUCUGAAGAUUACUGGCAAGAACUGCUGCCUGUGUCAUUCCUAGGCAAGAAACUUUUAUUUGAAUUUUAAUGUUUAGACAAUUUAGUUACUUUAACCCUUAGAGGAUUAAACUUCUUGGUUAGUGAUUAGUGGUUACCACAAUUUUUGGUAUUUUCUAUGACUUUUUUACUGUUAAAUAUGAAUUUCAAGUAAUUUUUAUCAUUUUUUAGAAUCACUAUUUUGAGUAACUUUUUUUACAAGUCUAGGGGUUGAGUCUACAGAGGCUUCACAAAUUACCUAAAUUCUUGAAUAAUACAACCUUGGUAUAGAUUAUAGACAAUCACCCAAAAGGCAAGUCCCAAAUGCAUCAUGAAGAUAGAUGCUAUUAAGUCACCGACCAUGAAGCGACAGUGAUUACUUUCAAACUUCACAAAUUGAAAUGCUUCAUUUAUUGAUUCUUAAAACUUCAAGGCAAAAGCAUACAAAAUAUAAAUGCAAGAGUUUGUUCCUAUUUCCAAGUAAGCAACAGAAAAAAUGCAUAUGUUCAGUAAUAAAAGCAUGGCAAAGUCCACAAGUGAGGAGCAUAUUUCCAUCCAUCGAAAAGCUAAUGAUUAAUCAGAUUUGUAAGUUCUAAAACCUCAGAAAGAAUAUUUAGAAAUGCCCCAUGUUAGAUCCAUAGAAUUACUAAAAACUAUAACAGAUAAGCGUAUAUCACUCUAUUUAGAUAUAAGUGUUUGGAUAAAUUCUAAAACCUAAACAUUAAUAGAAACCACUUUUGAACUGCACAACAUACUCAUACAAACUCCACACACACAAAUAAAUUAGAGACAAAUCCUAUUAGCAUUUCAAUGACAUAAUAAACCAAUAAAGUCACUUUACCUUUAAAAAUAAAAUCCUAUUAAUAUACCAAAUGCCAACUUUAUUUUCAAAUUAUAAAUUUUAGACAGCUCUACAUAGCUAACACACAUUCAUAAAAUAACUAAAAAAAUCUAAUACAUAAUAACAACAACCAAGUCUUAUCCCACUAAGUAGGGUUGACUACAUGGAUCAAACGAUGCCACAAUGUUUUGUCAUAAAUCAUAUCUCUGUCCAACUCAUAUAUCUCUAAGUCUUCCUUUGCCUCUUGCGACUUAACUACCCUCCAUCUGAUCUAUAUUACAGUAUAGUGAAAAAACUAGAGUUAGAUGAUAGGUUAACUAGAGUUAACAAGUUGGUUAGGUAAUUAGGGAGUUAGUUACUCCAACUCACUCCCAUAUAUAACUCACUCUGUUGUAUUCAUUCUCUUUUAUCAAUCUAUUCAUUCCACUAUGGAUCUCUAUGAUUAUCUCCCACGUGAAUACUCUUAUACUAGCUUUUUUGCUACUCACUAUGAUCUUUAUCCCUAUGAAUCCAUGAUUCAUAACAAUCUACUCUACAGCAACAACUACCAAUCCUUAUCCCACUAAAUGGGGUCGGCUACAUGGAUCAAAUUACACCACAAUGUUCUAUUGCAACUCUCUAAUGUUUUCAUUCAUUCAUAACCAUAUCUCGUCUAGUCUUACCAAAAAUUGUGCAUAGACGAGAAAUCAAAAUAUAUACACACACGCUCAAAAAGAUAGCAUCAUACCUUGUUUGUCAAGGGUCUUUUAGGAGGCUUGUAACUUUUCUGAGAAAGCAAGAAAAGUAUGACCACCAAGAGAAAAACUUCAAUAAAUAAAUGUCCUGCAAACAUAAGAUAAAAAAAAAAUCAAAUUAAUUAAUCAAUUAAUCAUCCAUCUAUAAAGUAAAAAGUAAAAGAUAAUUAAGUCCAUAACAAGAAAUAUUACCACCAAAAUUAUAUCCAAAAACUAUAGCUCUUGCAGAAGGUGCAUCUAAAGCAUAUGUAACCCAAUUUAAUGUAGUGUUCACGAAAUUAACAGCAGCUGAAGCCAUCAUUAGCUUAAUAUAUCAAUCAAAAUAUCAAUGAAUCCUUCAAUUUCACUCAUGCAUGUGAGUUUUCCACUAUUGAAAUUCUUAAAUCAUGAAAAGUUUAAAUCCUGCAAAGUAUAAGAAAAUCAAAUAUAAGCAUUCCAAUUAACAAAUGGAAUCGAAAAAUUUGAUUUUGAAUAAGAAUCUAAGGAAUUGAAUUGAUGAAUCGAAACGACGUGACCUACCUUAUGAUUGAGAGUGAAACGACGAGAGCUUGAUUCCAUGGGAGAUUCAGAAAUGAUAGGAAGAGAAAAAGAAGAGAAAAGAAGAGAAAGAGAAAACAAAUAUUUUAUUUUAACGGUUAUGAUGGUGCCACGUCAGAUCUCGUUAGCGCUAACUAAACAGUUGUCAUUAGGCCUGUGCAAAAUAACCGGUUUGAGUAGUAAAUCCAUAACCAUACCCGUAACCAUUCUAAAAUAACAACAAAUUUUUAACCAAAUAUCAACCAAACCCAUUUAAAAUGGAUCGGUUAUAAACCAUUGUUAACCAGUUAUCCCUAAAAAGAAAAAGCCCAACCAGUACCAAUUUUUCUGCUUUCCAAUAGAGAAAUGAUAUUUGAACAUCCAUUUUGUGACAACUUUUGUUACAACUUUCUCUCUCAUAUUUACAUUAUUUUUUACUUUAUCUCUCUAUUGCUUUGAUUUUCGUACAAAUACCUAUUCUUUCUUUAUAAAUUAUGGUUGUCCCCAUAAGUUGUCAAUUAAAGGAUGUUCAAAUAACACUCCUCUUUCCAAUAAUACACCAGUAGAAAACGCUUUCAACUCACUCCGAUGACGUGUGCACGGCGGUUCCAUAGACGGAGAUGAAAACGCAAGAGGAGGAAGAGAAAAUCUAGAUGCAGAUCUAGCCAAUACAACUUGUCAUGAUGCGGCAUCUGUCUUUCUAUCUGGAUUCACUUCUGCUUGGCUGCUUGUUUCUUUUCCUUAUUUGCUUUCAUUUUAGGUGAGUUAUUGCAUGGUCCAAUUGUAAAAUUUUCCUAUGUUAGGCUCAUAUAUCUUUACCGGCUGGAACCUGUAAUUUCCUUAUUUAGUGGUAUCUAACUAGUUAUGUACAUCAAUGUUUUUUUUUUACACAAAUAUCAACAAAUAAAAAAUGGAACAAAAUUGCUCUUUUAGAAGGAAAAUAUAGCGUCAGUUUUCAAACUAAAUAAUUCUUUGUCAAUAAUAUAUAUUUAUAUAAACUGAAAAAAAAAUUACUUUUUUUUUUCUCGCUAAGACAUAAAAUCCACAUAAAUUAAACACCAUGAGUUUAGUUCAGUUGGUAGGGAUAUUGCAUUUUAUACCAGGGGUCGGGGGGGUUCGAACCCCGGACACUCUAUUUCUCCACAAUUAAAUUGUGUGAGCUCUAGCCAUUAGGCUACUUGACAAAAAAAAAAUCCACAUAAAUUAGUUAUACAUCCCUAAAAAUAUAGUGAAUUUUAAUUUCUAAAAGACAACAAAAUAUUUUUAUCCUAACAAAAAGUUUUUUGUUUUGUUUUUAGUUCAAUUUAUGUUCAUAUUAAUGUCAAGAUUAUCACUCUUUUAUGUUCAAGAUGUAUCCACGUAUGUCUAUUUAUUAUGUUCAACAUUUGUAUGUCCGUAUUAUGCUAAAGAAAUGUCAAACACGUGUCAAGAUUAUAUUUAUGAAGGACAAAUAAACAAAACGAUUUUUUUUUUAGAAUGAAAAUAUUUUGUUUUAUUUUUUUAGAAUAGAAUCAAAAUUGCUUAUAUUUUUAGAGACAAAAAACUUAUUUAACCCUUAAUAAUAUUUAUGAAAGACACCUAGAAAAAUAUUUAUGAAAGAUACAACAAACAAUAUUUUUUGUGUUAGCCCUUCAGUUCUUGGGGAAAGAGGGCUCUAAUAAUCCGAAGUUUAGACAAAUAUAAGUAAAGUCUGAUCUAAAAUUGUUGAUAUACGCAGAAAUCAAAUUUAAAUUCUUUUAUUAUUAUAAAUAAAAGAAUAACCACAAAUUCAAUUUACUUGAUUUUUGAGCCAAAAUGUGUUUUGAAAUUAAGGGCUCUAAACUUACUUGAUUUACUUGAUUCUAAAUGUGUUUUACUUGAUUUAGUCUUAUCUAAAUGUGUUUUACAAGAUUGCUCCUCUUCUCACAUUUAUAAUUGAAUAUAUGGUUAUUGAAAUGUGUUUUUGAGCCCUUGAGAGAAAAAAUCAAGUAAUUGAACUCAAGUGGUUAUAGCCCUAAUAAUCAAACUCAAGUAUUGGAAAAGUCAAAACACAUUUCAAACCACAAAUUCAAAUUGUUGAUAUACUUGAGUUCAAUUAUUUGGUUUUUUCUUUCAACCCAAAAUAAUAAAUAAAAGCUAACAGUGUUAGUAUUGGAAAAGUCAAAACACAUUUCAAUAACCACAAAUUCAAUUAUAAAUGUGCGAUUUCAAUUUUAUAUUUUUAAAUCCAUAUAAAGUGUGCGUUAAAACAAAUGCAUAUAAAUUUAGGUCGCUUAAUAUUUAAACCUUUCAAGUUACCUCUUUCAAAAACAACAACAAAAAAACCUUACAAGUUACCGGUCAACAAGACAAAGCAAUCCUAGCCAUCCCUAUUAAUUUAUAUUAAAUCAGUGGUUGAGUUUAGAUGAGCCUAAGAUGGGGAAAUUUUACAAUUUCCCCAUGCUAAACGUCGCCUUAUUUUUAACUUUCAAACAAACUUUGACUUUUCUUCUUUUGGAGUUGUUUCAUUUUGACAAUUCUUUUCAAGUUUUGAAAAACACAAGAAGUGAGUGUUAAUGAUCUUCUAGUUCUAGUAGAAUAGAUGAUCCUUCUAAAUUUGUCAUGCAAUUACUAAUUAUUUAUGUGGCACAUAAUCAGUGACAUAGCGAUGAUAGGGAAGAACAUGAUUGGAAAAGAAUAUGGAUACUCCACAAAUUUUAAAUAAAAUGACCAUUUUGCCCUUAAAAAAACUAGACAAGACUAUAAUACUUUUUCUUCUUAUUCCUUCUCCAAAACCAGUAUCUUUGUUCAUUUUCUUCGGCAAUCGCUGUUGUUUAAAGGAGGGGUAACAAUGGUACAAUCUAACAAACAAAUCAAAAUUCUUUCAAAAUUGAACCAACCCAUUUCUGAAUGUAAAAUAUACUCAAAAUGAAAGCAUAUCCAAUUCUGAAAACAAACAAACAAGUCUAAUCAAAAUUCUUGCAAGCGUCGAUGACAGAUCAUAGAAUGAUAUGGUGGGUUGUUGUUUUUUAAAAUGAUCGAAGCUUUAAUAGUUUCUUUCUAUUUCAUGUGAAGCUUUCAUGGUUAGGGCCACGUCACCGGAGGUGUUGCCUGUUGAUAGUUUGCGUUUUUGUUUCAUGUAAAGCUUCCAUGGUUAGGGACACGCAACUGGAGGUGUUCGUUGAAAGUUGUCGAAAAUGUGGAUAUGUGAUGAAGGCAACAACAAACAAUGAGUAAAGAGUAUAAUGAUGACUAGUGAGUUCAAAACGAAUUUCAAAGAGGAAACACACAUGGAGUACGAAAUUGAACUCAGAGGAGGAUGCGAUGGUUGUUUUGACAGGGAGACAGAAGUGGUUGUUGAUGGUGGAGACAAGUGAAGGCGGUAGUAUUUUAGUAAUUUUGCAUGUGUCUUGGAUCAUUAAGGGUAAAAUGGGCCCUACUUGCAUGGUCGUAUAUGAGGCAGGGCGAGGAGGGAGACCAUCCUAAUCCUCAAAAAAUACAAAUUUCAUAAACUAAAGAUAUACUUAGUAUGCUUGCAAAUCAUUUUUUCAAAGUAUCCGAAGAAAAUUCAUUAGUAUACCAUCUUGUAUCCAAUAUACACCGAUUAUUAGGAGCGAAUCAAACCUAAAGUUGGUGUAGAAACAUAUGCAUUGGAGUUCUAAACACAGCCUUCAUUGUUCAAGUGUUGUAGCAUUUUUCCCCAACAACAGUUUUUUAAACCAUGCAAUUGGGUAUUUGUUCUUAUUCUUUGAUAACCACUUUUCUAAUGAUGAACUUUUAUUUGAUUGAGAUUUUUUUUUAAUUCAAUUGUAAUGUUCGCUUAUUUUAAAAAAAAAUUAAACAAUUAAAAUAAGAGCUUAAUUCAAAGAUGAACAUGGGUUACAGUGACAUUCUAUAUUCUAAAAAUAAAAGAAAUGAUAUUUAUAUAACUAUUUUAGACUAUGUUCAAUAGGUUGUUGAAUGCAAACUUAAACAUGUUGAGACCAUUGAAGAUGGGUGUUGAAAGUGAGUGGAAAGUUGAUGUGGAUGAAAGAGGUGAUGAAUGCAUUAAACAUGUUGAACUCUCUCCCGUCAGGCCACGUGGCGCAAUCCGGUUCGUUCAAAAUGGCGCGUGAGAUGCACGCGUCGAGAGGGCGCGUGGGGAAGUUGUGCACGCGGAGAGAGAGAAAGAGAAAUGGAUAAGGGCAGAACACGUGGCGUGUUUCGAUUGGCUGGUUGAAUUUUUAUCAUCUUAAUAUUUUGGACUCAAUUAUUUCAUUGCAAAUAAUUUUUUUUUUUAUACCAAACUUCGUGAUUUUUUUCUCUAUAAAUUGAGACUUGGAUCAUUUGAUUUGGACACAGAAAAAAAAAACCAAGUUUUUCACUCUUUUAAUCUUAUUAUUAGCUUUCUAUUAGCUUUUCUUUUGAAGUUUUAGUCUCUAUUUAGGGAAAUGGAUCCCAAUACCAAUCAAUUCAACACCCAAAAUUCUUCUAAUUACCCAUUUAGCUACCAAAAUUCCAACAAUUAUCAACACCCAAAUCAAUUUUGGCUUAAAUGCUCUUUUGGUCCCUUAAAUAUUUAUUUGGUAUCGCUAUGGUCCCUUAACUAAAAAAAAGAUUGUUUGAGUACUUUAAUUUAAUUUUCGUUACAUUUUUUGGUCCCUUCUAUUAGGUUUCUGUUAGGUUUAAUAAAAAACGUUAAGUGUGGUACACGUGUCGUUUUGGCAUUGGCUCUGGAAACAUUAAGGGACCAAAAUGAUACCAAAUAAAUACUUAAGGGACGAAAAGAGCAUUUAAGCUUUUUUUUAUCAUCUUCAUCAAAACCUUCAUCAUAUUCAUCAAUUAAAUUCAGAAAAAAAGGAAAUAAUCGAAAAAAACUAAAAAAAAUAAAUAUCCACCGAUUCAUCUUGCAAGACAUUGAUGCAUCUUCAACCCAAAUCCAUAACCCCUCUUUUAUUUAACCAUGCCCAAAUUCAUCUUGCAGGACAUUGAUUCAUUUUCGAGUUCAAUAACUCAUCAUCAACAGUCAUCGUCGCCGUUUCUGGGAGGAUCUACUAUCCACUGUCGUUUUUCUAGAUUCAAGGUUUUUGUGAGAGAGAAAAAUGGAAAUGGUUUUAGGAAACUAUGAAGAAUAAGAUUGAAGAAAUGGUGGAUUUUGGGUUCUAAAUUGGUAAAUAUUGAAAAAGAUUUUUUUUCUGGGUUGGUGUGUUGUUGAUGAUGAAGAUCAUGAAGAAGAAGAUGGAAGGAGAAGGAAGAAGAGGAAUAGUACAAACCCUAACGUUUUUUUGAUUUUUUUUUAACAGAAGGGACCAAAACAGGUAACAGAGAUAAAGAUAAAGUACUCAAACAAUCUUUUUUUUAGUUAAGGGACCAAAGCGAUACCAAAUAAAUACUUAAGGGACCAAAAGAGCAUUUAAGCCAUCAAUUUUUCAACCAACAUCCUCAAAACCCAAAUCAAUCCCCCAACCAACAUCCUCAAAACAGGUCUAAUUUUGGUUUUGCCUCAAAUUUCAAUCACCCAUAUUAUAGAUCUAUGAUGUGAUAUCCAUCUCAAACACCCCCAUUUAAUGGUUAUAUGCCAAUGGUGAAUGAAAAUUUUCAGAGUGUUGGUGAAUAUCCUGAAUUUUCAUCAUAAAUAAAUCGUGGUGGAAUGACAAGAGCUAAUGAAGUCACUCCAAUUCCAGAGGAUACAACUCCUAAGAGCAAGAAAAACCAGCAACCAUCAUGGAACACCGAACAAAAUUUGGUGUUAAUUAGUGGGUGGAUAAAAUAUGGAACAUGCAGUGUUGUCGGGAGAAACCAGACAAGUGAAGCAUAUUGGGGUAAAAUUGCUGAGUAUUGUAAUGAGCAUUGCUCAUUCGAUUCUCCGCUCGAUGUAGUUGCAUGCCGAAACUGUUUUAAUUAUAUGAGCAAAUGAAUAAAUAAAUGGGUUGGUGCUUAUGAUGGCGCUAAGCGUUUGCAAGGAAGCGGUUGGUCGGAAGAUGAUGUUUUCGCAAAAGCGCAGGAAUUAUAUGUAUGUGGGAAGAAUGUUCAAUUUACUUUAAAGGAAGAAUGACACGCUCUCUGUGAUCAACCACGUUAUGGUAGUCAAGUAGGAGGAAAUGUUGACUCAGGAAGUAGUGGAUCUAAGAGAUCUCACAAGGACUCUGUAGGAUCUAGUGCUCGUCCAAUGGGUAGGGAGGCAGCUAAAAAAAAAGGUAAAAAGAAAAGCAAGGACGAGACCUUGGAGAAGGUGGAAAAGGAGUGGGUUCAAUUCAAAGAAUUAAAGGAGCAAGAGAUUGAACAAUUGAAAGAGUUAACCUUGGUGAAACAACAUAAAAACAAGUUGCUGCAAGAAAAGACUGAAGCUAAGAAAAUGAAAUGUAUCUAAAGUUAAGUUAUGAAGAGCAUCUCGAUGACCGAAUGAAAGAGCUGUUGGAAAAGUUGGAGCGUGAGCUGUUUGAAAAUUAAUUUUAAUCAAAUAUUUGUUUGUAUUCAGUCAAAAUUAUCAGUGUUGUCUAGUCACGAGUGUUUGCUUUAAUAUUUGUCAGUGUUGUCUAGUCCCUAGUGUUUGCUUUACCAAUUAUCCGUGACUUUUAUUUCAAACACUAUUUGAAGGUCUUCCUCCAUUUGUUGAAAUGUGUGCCUACUGUUUAAUAAAAUGAUACUAUGACGAUGCAAUGUUUCGUCGUCGGUACCGGAUGCAAAAGCACGUUUUCAUUCGAAUCGUUGUAGACCUUUCAAUUAGUGAUAACUACUUCACCCAAUGAGUUGAUGCUGCCAACAAAGAAGGUAUAUCACCGCUAGCAAAAUUUACCACAGCAAUGCGAAUGUUAGCAUAUGGUGUGGCAACAGAUGCGGUCGAUGAAUACAUCAAAAUAGGAGGUACUACAACAUUGGAGUGCUUACGUUCUAGACCGGUUUGAUGAUGUGGAACAGGGAAAGGCUCCAACGGUGAAUUACUUUGUGAAUCAACGUCUCUAUAAUAUGACAUACUAUCUAGCUGAUGGUAUCUACCCUUCUUAUCCAACUUUCGUCAAAUCAAUUAGACUUCCUCAAAGUGAACCCGAUAAGUUAUUUGCAAAACAUCAGGAGAGCUGUCGGAAGGACAUCGAACGUGCUUUUGGAGUGCUUCAAGCUCGAUUUAAAAUCAUCUGUGAACCAACUCGCUUGUGGGACAUAGCCGAUUUGGGUAUCAUCAUGAGUUCAUGCAUCAUAUUACAUAAUAUGAUUGUUGAGGAUGAACGAGAUACAUAUGCUCAACGUUGGAUUGAUUUUGAGCAAUCUGAGGGAAGUGGAUCCAGUACACCGCAACCAUACUCGACCGAGGUGUUACCCACUUUUGCAAAUCAUGUGCGUGCUAGAUCCGAGUUGCGUGAUCCAAAUGUUCAUCACGAAUUGCAAGCAGAUCUAGUGAAGCACAUAUGGACAAAGUUUGGAAUGUUUCGUGAUUGAAGAUGAUUUGUAUCGUACUAAAUAAAUUACUUGUGUGUUGUGUGCUUGUUUGUUAUCUUGCAUUUUAAGCUAUUUGUGUGCUGUGUGCUUAGUUUAUUGUAUUGCAUCUUAAGUUAGAAAAUAAAAAUAAAUUAUUUAAAUAAAUUGUGUUUUUACAAAAAAAAAAAUUGUUAAGUGUUUCUUUAUUUUUAUUUAAUUAUAAUCGAUAAUUGUAAUUUUAUGUAAUUAUCAAAACAAAAUAUAAAAUUAAAUAAGAAUAAGAAAUAAAAUUAGGUGGUGGGGUAGAGUGUUGAAUGAAAAAACCAUUGGAGAGGUAAAAAUUGAAUGAGUGUUGAAUUAAGAGAGAUAAAAUGGUGUGGAGUGUAGGGAAUUGAAAAAGUGGGUGUUGAGGGUUGUUGAAUGUUUGUGACCAUUGUAAAUGGUCUUAGAACAACUUUUGGAUCUCUUUCAUAAUCUUCUUGUGUUCUUACUCUCUCUCUCUCUCUUGUUUUUUUACCAAUAAAAAAGAAGAAGAAAGUUGCCAAUAAAAUGGUUGUACGCAUAUUAUUACUCAAAAAUAAAUUUAGAAACAUUCUUUUGUUGUUUAUUCUUAAAUUGAAGACAAUGUAACCAACCAUCUCACGAUCCACACAAAUGGAAGUAUUAAGUUUCGUUGAACAUAGUUCACUUGACUUGAGGCUUAAAUAAUACUACUUUUAGGUGGCAAAAACAAUCAAGGUAAUGGUUUCACUGAAUUAGAAAUUCUAGUGGCCAAAACAAUCAUGGUCACAAAUUCAAAUCAGCAUAACAUUUUACGAAACAUACCACAUCAAGUGCAGCUUAGCUUAGAAUCUUAUCAUGUAUGCAUUCAAAAGUUUUAUAAUACAAUGCCAAUAUUAGCUUCUACCAAUAAACCUGACCUUGUAUGUACUAAUGUACACACCACUAAAAGUCAUACAAAUGCUUUCUCCAAUGUUUUAACCACAUAAACCAUAGUGUAAAUAAUCAUUUUCUUCACCUGUCACCAAAGAAGCAGCAAUUAGGAACAAACUUUAUAGAAAAUACCAUAAAGAAUCGAUUGAUAGCGAUAAUGGCUUGGGUAACCUGUAAGAAAUUGUAAGUUUAAAAAUGCAGUCUUCAAAAAGAACUUAGAUGCACUCAAACCGGUUUGAGUUACGACUAACCUAAAUACUAAGAUAUCAGAGGCUAUGCUAUAUAAAUUGGGCGACAAUUGUCAUGCAACUCGAGUAACGAUCUAAACAUCUAAGAUUGAAGUAUUUGAUGCAAUAUAUGAAAAUGAGCCAUUUAUAUUUAUUUUUCUAUCUAACAUAAACAUCUCAACAAAUAAUUUAUAUCUAUUUGAUUUUAUCGUCCAAAUAUUUUAUUUUUUGUUUUUAUUACUUUCUAAUUUAUUUUAAUAUAAAAUUAGAAAGGUAUGAAUAUCCAUAUAGUAAAGUAUUUAUAAAUAUUUGCAAGUUAAAUAUCAACGUGUAAAUGAUUUUUUAUACAAAAAAUAAAUGAUUAUAAAAUAAUUGAAAUUAUGUAGAAUUUAUUCCUUAAAAUGUAUUAUUAAUAAUUGUGGUAUUAAUGGUCAUUUUACAAUUGUUCGGUGUGAGAUUUGAACAAUGUCUCUUAAAGAUAAAAGGCAUAUAUAUAUUCAACCCAAUAUAUUAUACCACACACUUUCACAACAAAUUACAAAUCAAAGAAAAACCAUUAAUUAGAAAAUCGAGUUAUAUUUUAUUUCAUGACAAGAAAUUUUUUAUUUAAGUACUAUGACAAUUGUAUAGUUUUACUAAUUUAAUAACGGGUACGGAUUUCUCCGAGUCUAGAUACUUAAAAAAAUAUUUUAUUUUAUUCUAUAUGUGUUAAUGAUUUUACAUUUGUACUAAACUCGGUUAUUUUCAUCCUCAUGUGCAUCUAUUAAUUUAUAGGUACUUAAAGUAUGAUUUGCUUUAUUGUAUUCGUGUAUACCCAUUAAGAUAUUUGUAGUGUACCGUUUCGUGGUAAAUUUUAUUUACGGACACCAUACAUUCAUAAUUUUGGUCAUCCUUAAUUAUAUGUCUAACCCGAAAAAUGCCGGAUAAAUACACUAGUAUUACCUAAAAUUAAGGUAAUAUAAGAGAAGAAUUGUCUAAUUUUACCUAAAAUAUUUUAUCAACAUUUUUAAUCCCCGUCACAAGUUUUGGUCCUUAGAAAGCUAGAGAAAAAAAGUUAUAGGAACUAAAAAAAGUAAUUUUAUUUUGUAUGAACUAAAAACAAAACGCUAAUAUUCAUAAAGGCCAUUUGUAAAAAAAAUAUUCAUAAAGCUCAAUUACUUAAUUAACCCUUAUUAUUAUCAGCGUUGUUAUGAUCAUCAUUGUGGUUGUCGUCUUCGUCAUAUUGUUCCUUCUCGUUUUUCUCUUGUUUUCAAGAUGAUGGUUAAUUUAGUGAUCUUAUUUUUGAGGGCUUUUUUGGGUAGAUAAAUAUAGAAGUAUAGAUAUAAAAAAAAAGAUUUAACAAUUAUAUUUGCGUAGAUUCUGAAACAAUAAAACGAGUAAAACUAUGGAGCUAAAAAUAGUUCAAUUGAAGUUAAGGAUUUAAAAAAUUCACCGUUAAGAAAUUAGGGUUAAAAACAGAAGACUUGCUUCUCAAUUAAGUAUUCUUUGUCAAAUAUUGCUCCCCUACAAGUCAUACUGAACCCCCCCACUCCCUUCUCCUUUUCGUUGCCUUCCGUAAUCUUUCCUCCCCCUUCGGAAUUAGCAAUCCUCGUAUUGAACCCAUCAUUCAUCCAUCCUCUUCAUAUCGACGACAAUGUGUUGGUAAGUCAGUUCGAUAUAUCUCUCUGCCUUCUCCGUUUUGCUUUGCUUUCUCGGUGCACUAUGGCCAAACCAUUAGGUGAAAAAAAAGGUUAGUAACCACAUACCGGAAGAUCUUGCAUUAUUCAUUCUAUCAAAACUUCCUUUAAAAUCUUUAAAACGUUUUGGAUGUGUAAAGAAAACAUGGUCUCUCUUAUUUGAAAAUUCUUAUUUCAUCACCAUGUUCCGCACUAAUUUCAUAUCUAUUCCUCACUCUUACUAUGAUGAUACAACACUCAUCCUACAAGAGAUUGUAGAGACACCUCUUAAAUGUUAUAUCCAUUCACUUUCUGGUGAGAGGUUUGAGAAUAGACUCAAAUUCCAUAUGCCAAAUCCAUUUCAAGUGGAGGACCCUCUCCUCUAUAUUUUAGAGUCUGGAUCUACUAACGGAACUCUUUGUCUCUACGGAGGACCCGAUGAACUUGUAUUGUGGAAUCCAAGUACCGAUGAAUUGAACGUCGUUCCUUCCAGUUCUAUGGUCUCUAUGCCACCUUAUCGGGAUCCUUACACUACUCUUCAUGGAUUUGGUUAUGACCAUGUUAGAGAUGACUAUAAGAUUAUUAGGUGUAUACAUUUUUUUCUACUAGAAGGCGAAGAUCUUUUUCGUCUCAACCUGUCGAAGGAAGAUGUGCAACGGGAUGAAAUAUCUUAUGCACGUGUAUGGGAGAUUUAUAGUUUAAGAUGUAACACUUGGGAAUAACUUCAUGUCGAUAUACCUCCAUAUUGUUUUUCAGGUUUAUUGUACACAGAUGGAAUAUGGCAUUGGUUGUCUAGAAAUAAUGCUCAACAUUACAUGGUGUCAUUUGACCUAAGCAAUCAUGUGCUUUUUAAAACAUUAACGCCCUUAGCAAUACCGAUAGACAUAGAUCCCAAUUUUGAUUUUGAGAAUGUGAGUAAAGAAUUGGUGAUGUUAAAUGGUUCCAUUGCUUUGAUCUCUUGGUAUGAAGAUACGACCACCUUUCACAUAUCAGUUUUAGGUGAACUUGGUGUGAGUGAAUCAUGGACUAAACUCUUUAUUAUUGGACCUUUGUCCGACCUUUUUACGUAUCCUAUUGGAGCAGGGAGUAAUGGUGAUAUAUUCUUCAAAGCAGGAGAUGGAAAACUAGUCUUUGAUUUAAGAACACAGAUGAUUGAGAAACUUGACGGUGUGGAAAAAGCAUAUUCCAAAAUAAUAAUCUAUAAGAAAAAUGGAGGAAUAAAUCAUUAGUUAGUUUUUGUUCUCAAUUAUUAGGAUCAUUUUAUCUUAAAUAAUAAAAAGUGGUUUAUCAAUCACCCAUUAUCAUAUUUAUGAUUACGAAGCAUAUGAUAAAUUAAUAAACCAUCUUGUAAUUAUGAAUGUUGCAGCUUUGACAAAUUUAUAUUGAAAGUAUUUGUACUAUCUUUCUAUUUGUUUAAUUAUAGUUCUAUUUGCAAGAUGAUAUGAUUUCUCUUUCUAUUGUAUUGAAUGGUCUCUGGUUUUUUGGUAGCUAAUGGUUUUAUUAUGACCUUGUUAUGAGUUAUUAUGAGUUUAUAAGUUAUUUUUUCAUUGUACACAUGAAUUAUUACAAGUUUAUUAAUUAUUUCAACACUAAAAGUUUAUGUCAAAGUCAUAUUCCUAAGUUUUUUAGUUUUGUUUCCCUUUGUCGAUGAUUUAUGUUAGUAUCAUGUUGAUGAGUUUUUCUUCCUUUUUUGAUCAGUUUAGAGUGUUCUCUAUUUCUUGCAAUGGUUGUCCACAGACAAGUAGGUUGCAAGUAAAUUCAAUUUUCUCUAUUUAUUGAUUUAGUAUCAUGUUUGCAGAUUAGUAAUCAAUGAUUUAUGGAAUUUUUUUACAGAUUGAGCUCAAUUUUUUUGACCCGAGGAGUUCAUCAACAUCAUCGUUAAUAUCUUGAGACAAAAGGUGCAAUAGUGGAAUACAAUUAUCAGAUGCAACCUGUUCCAGUCAGACCAAGCAGUGCUCUUACACUUUCCAGUAUGGAGAUGGUAGCGGAACCUCAGGCUAUUACGUGUCCGAUACGAUGCAUUUGGAUACUAUUUUUGAGGGAUCUGACUACAAAUUCUUCAGCUCAUGUAGUUUUUUGGGUGAGCUUUCAUGAGCCUGAAAUGGUUGAUAUUUGAUAGCAUAUCUCUUGUUUUCUUUCUUCGUGUUAAUUAGUUUAAUCUAAUCUCGGAAACCGCUACUUUGUGAAUUGAGCAGUUGUAGUAACGAGCAGAGUGGAGACUUGACAAAAUCUGACAGAGCAGUUGAUGGUAUAUUUGGAUUUUGGCAACAACAAAUGUCUGUGAUCUCACAGCUCUCAUCACAAGGGAUUGCUUCUGGAGUAUUCUCUCAUUGUCUUAGAGGAGAUAGCUCUGGUGGAGGAAUUCCGGUUCUUGGUGAGAUUGUGGAGCCUAACAUAGUUUAUACUCCAAUUGUUCCAUCACGGUAAGUUUUUAGCUAACUGCACCCUUCGCAAAUAUUUCAGGCUCAUUACAAUUUAAACUUACAGAGCAUAUCUGUUAACGGCCAGGCACUUCAAGUCGAUCCAUCAGUUUGUGCAACAUAUCAAGCAACAGAGGCACCAUUGUUGAUUAUGGAAAAAAAAUCAUAUUCCUAAGUUUUAUAAACAUGAAGGCUCGAGUAAAGGUUAAAAUUUCAUCUUAUUUGCGUCAUGUUUCUAUUCUAAUUUUUCAACAUCUAACAAAGUAAUUAUGUUAGACAGAUUUGAACUUAUACAUGUCUUUCGGUUUUUACAUGUAAAAGAGAAAAAAUAAAUUAUACUUCCAUUUCCCCAUCUUUUCAUGACAUGUUCAUAAAAGCUGUUUUCAGCUUAUUUCCAUAAGCUGUCUAGAAAAGCUUAUGAAAAUAGCUACAUAAAGCUUUAAAGAGUUUUGUCUCCUGAGGUGAAAUUUCUACAUAAAGCUUUAAAGAGUUUUGUCUCCUGAGGUGAAAUUUCUACAUAAAGCUUUAAAGAGUUUUGUCUCUCCAGGUCAGUCUACGUAAAGCUUUAUCUAUCCACCUUCUAUGCUCUUAAUGUGACAUGACACUACAAACAUUUCUACAUAUCUUGUAUUUAAAAGUUGGUUAAUAUAUUACUCAUUCCCAUGCUGGAAAUGCUGCCACACGUAUGUAACCAUGAAAUUAUAUUUUAGUUUAGUUUUAUUGAGUUAUGGAAAAUGUUAAAUUGAUAACUAUGAGCCUUGCAUAAUCGAUAAUUUAUAGCUGAAUUGAAUUGAUUACCAUGAAAUGCUGCCACACGUGUAACUGUAAAUAAAUAUUAUGUACUAUAGGUUUAUGGAUAUUUUCCAAAAUUAUUUGGUUGUCAAAUCCAUUCCUAAUUCCAAAAAUCAGUCCAUCUUUCCUCUAUUUAAUUUUGCAUUUUUUAGUUUAGUUUAAAAAAUUGAUUAUGAUCUUUGGAAAAUGAAAUUAGAGGCACUGCUAAAUUGAGCUUGAUGUGUUGUUGUAUUAAGUGUUAGAUCAUUAGACUUUGAAGCUGAUGGCUUGUUGGGAGUCUAUGCUGAGAUUUUCGAUACAAUUCUGUCUAGUUUUUCUGCCUCUGCUGCGCAAUCUCGACUACGCAAUCGCAACAUAGCUUUUGGCAUGUUGCACUCUUUUCUUAGUUGCCUCCAAAUGUGAUUAGAUGCCUACAGUUUUGGGGUUUGAUGUUGUUGUUUAGCUAGCGUGCGUUACUGUUUUGAACUCAAUUCAGUUGAAGUUCUGACUUCUAAUUCUAUCUAAUUUUUCCUUAACAGGUCUAGUUUAUGUUGUUAUGGGGUAUUUUUGAUAUAUGGUGAUGAACUGCUGGUGGGUGGUGUUUGGUCCUGCAAUGAUGGUUCUGUUCAAGGACGAGUUACCACUAUUGUCGUGUUUUCUCGACUACGAGCAUGAAUUUGUUUUUUUGGUUGGGUCUAUGAUGGUUCUCAUCUUCCGAAACUGCCAUGUUUUUGACUGUUUUUCUUUAGUUUACUGCUGCUAUAUUUCUGUGUUUUUUCCCUGCUUUGGCGAGGAGUUAUCCCCGAUUACAUAUAGAUCAGGGAUUAGUUUUGUUGCCUAACACUACUCGAUGUCAAACCUUUGGACAAAUUUUCGUUUCCUUGUUACAUAUUGGCAUCCCCACUGACUCAAAUUUUGUCUAACUUUGUCGCUUGUAGAAUGCAUUCCAAAGUGACCUGUUCAAUAUAUACACGCUGCUGGGAAUAGUUUGCACUUAUGGUUGCUGCAAGCUCAGGGGAGAUGAGCUUUUCUAGAGGGCUUGGCUGGUCCGAUAUUCAACAUAGUUGACAAACGAUGCGCAUUUGAAUUAAACUUGUUUGAUUUGCUUAAAUUAGGGUGGUAGCUAUUCGAUUUAUAUUACCAAUGAUAUACAAUUUUUUUUUGAAGAGAUAUAUAAUGUAUUUGUUCUUUUCAUUAUCAAUCAAUUUCAGCUUGUUGAAAUCUUUGAAGUCAAAUAUAUAAAUAUUUUACUGAUUGAUCUACCUAGUCUUGACUAUUCAGUAACAUUUAUGUAACAAAACUAUAGAUUGGCAACAAAUUAGCUACAAAUUACCUACAAAAUAAGUAACAUUUUUUAAGUGUUACAAGUAAUACUUUCAAGUGUUACUGAAAUCAUUUAGUAACACCGGCUUUACCUAACAUUUAUCAAAUGUUACAAGAUCUAAAUAGUAACAUUUGUUUUUGAUUUAGUUACAAUUUUGAAGUGUUACUAAAUCUCAUAUAUGUUGUAGUGUGAUAGGAAAGAAGUGCAUUUUUGCAUAUAAAUGUUAGAAAAUGGUGUAAGUUCUGAAUGAUGGGUGAAUAUUGAUGUUUGGAGUAGUGAGUGUUGUGAAUUAUACACUUGAAUGAGGAUGACCGGAAAUUUUACUAAUAUAUAAUGUUGUUUAAAUGUACCAUAUAUAUUUUUAAUGAAUGUAUUCUCACCACUGCUUUGUUGUUUUGUGUUUGUGGUGUCUGUACUCGUGGGAGGACAUAUACUUAGGUUAAGGAGUUUUAGCUGCGAGGUAUUGGGAUGGUGGCGUUGGAAGUUUUAUUCCAUCUGAUUUAUUUAUGAAAAACUGUAUAGGCAAUUACGUUGUUUUGAUUCGAUAACACUAGGGUUAAGGUGUUUUCAUCGUUUUGUUAAGUUUCUUGGAGAUGAUUUUUGAAACUAUGAUUUUAUUAUGCUAUAGUGUAGAGACCUUAAAUUAUUUUAAUUGAAGUUGAUGAACUAUUUCGCUGCUUUAAUUAUGAUAUUUGAUUUAUGGAAAGGUAGAUUGUCGAAUAUGUGUAGCACCUAUUUAAAUAAAUAUACUUUUUAUGUUACAAUUAUAGUUUACACUUGAGUGAUUUUGAGGCUCCGAUGAUUGCCAUUUCGGUGUUGAACAUUGGGAUAUGGUCGACUGGGUCAUUCCUUCCAUUGAAAGUGGACUGUGAGGGUGGUUUGAAAAUUUUGAGAACUGGCACAUUCCAGAUCUCCGCCAAAAGGGUUGGGGAUCCAAUUCCUCCGUCUCCUCAUUGUUAUGGUGGAGCUCGUCCUGUUGUUGUUGGAUCAUGUUGAUUGAAGCUUGUAGGGCUUCGUUUUAUUGUUGCAGCUUCUGUAACUGGAUUUGCAUUGCUACAACGAUGUUUGGAUUGGCGUCUCCCCCAACCACCGAUUUUGUCUAGAGCGUUAUUGCUUUGAGAAUAUUGAUGGUGGCCUAGGAUAGUUUUACCGAAGCCCCAUAGUGAACACUAACUAUACUUGAAAUAAGCACAAUGAUAACACUCGACUCAGGAGAAAGCUAAGUGAUCAAGUUCUAGGUCUGUAUAUUUAUGGUUCUCUGAGUGUGACCCCAGGGUGCUAUUUAUAGCUCCCCCUACUUUAUGGCGGCAGACUCUAAUCUUUAUUAUGAUUCUUUAUUACAUACAACUACAUUUUUUUUAAAUCAGAUAUCACUAUUUUGAAAAAAUCUAUUUAACACACAUUAUUCUAUUAAGUCCAAAAAUUUGUUGUCAACAAAACAAAAUAUCUAGUUCAUUAACUUCUUUACUGCUAUUGUAGUAGCCAAUUAUAAUUUUGUAGUGACAUUUUAGUUUUUCAUAUCUUGUAAAACACAUCAAGGCAUAAGGCUAUUAAGACUACUAAUUAAAAGCUAAAAGAAAUAUAAAUUGUAAGUGUUUCAACCAAUUAUUAAAGGUAUUCUUAUAAGUGGCGAGGAUUUAUUUAAAAAAAAUUGAGAAUAUGACAUUUUUAUUAAUUAAAGUGAUAUUAAUGACUAUUUUACUACUACUACUACGGAGGGGAUUCAAACUCAACACUUUAAAGUUACAAGGUUAAACUCUUUUCGAUGAGAUAGACCAUAAAAUUAUAGGCGGUAGGAUGGAAAAAAAAAAAAAAAAAAGGUGUGAUAUGACCGAAUUGGAUUCCAAUGCGAUACUUCUAAAAUAAGAGAGAGAAGAUCAAUCUAAAUAAACUCUUUAAUUCCUUACUAUCAUUUUAGAGUAUAAAAUAGUAACUACAAGGUCUAUGAAAUUAAGGAAAAAAAUAUUGUGUGGCAGUACAAUAACUAAAUGAGAGCUCAUGAAAAAUGUAUCAUAAUGAAUAUUGCACAUUUCUUUUACUAGCACAAUAAUCCAUUCUCAUAUGUAAGGUGUUUCUGCACUCUUUUGGGUUUGGUACUCAUAUAAUCGGCGAAGCUUUUUAGUCAAUUCACAUUUGUGAUCAACACAUUUGACAACAUAAAACCAGUCUGUAAUUUGUGGACAAUCGGCAUCAGUUUCACAAUAAAUAUCUACUGUAAUGAAAAAGGAAAAGAAAAGAAAAUAAUGUUAACUAAAACAUGAUAAAAGAUUGUGUACGAACUGCAAAGUAAAUAGAAAAAAUUGAAAAGAAUGAGAAAUGACUUACCACCAUCAACUUCCGUUAUGACAAGAAAUAAGGGAAGAAAUAGAAUCAUAGCAUAAACAAAUUCGAGAAUUUCCACCAUAUGUUUUCCUCUUUGCAUGUCAAAAAUAGAAUAUGAUUUGAUCACCUUUUAGCGUAUAAAGUUCAUGCUCUCCUAAAAUUAAAUAAUUUUUUUUAUCACUUCUAAAAUUGUAAAAUCCUUUUAUAAAAUUAUAAUCAUUAUUAAAUAUUUCUUAAGUAUUUGUUGUGUUUGUCUCUUCAACACACCUAGUAGGCGGUUAAAUAACAAACGUUCUAAUCAUUAAAAUUUAUUCUGUUUUAAUUAACUUUUCAUUACUUUUUGAACCUUUCACGAUAGUAAAAGAUUUUUUUUCUUUGUGAACCAUGAUAAAGUUAUUUUUUGGAAUAAUACACCAAUAUUAUUAUUUUUUGGACAAGAAUGAUGCACCAAUAUUAGAGUGAGAACAUGUAUAUACAUAGUGGCGGAGUAUUACAAGGGCAUAGGUGUGCCCACGACCCACCCUCCCCCUGUAUUACAAGGGCAUAGGUGUGCCACGACCCACCCUCCUCCCUCCCUCCAAAAAAAAAAGUAUAUUUUUGUUCUAUUAGUAAAAUGAUAAAAUAUCCAUGACUUUCUUUCUGACUCCGCCACUAUUUAUACACAAGUAAAAUGUAUGGUAGGAUCAAUUCAUGUUGCUGAUAAAGUCAUUGAAAAAAAAUGAAUGUGUAUUUAAUUUUGUAAUUGCAUGAUUUAUUAUACAUUUUCUUUUUUUUUUGAAGGAAGGAAUCUGUUUUUUUAUUUAUUAUAUACAUUAUCAUUCAAAUCAAUUAUAUAAUUCAUAUUGAUUUAAAAAAUAAUUUGGUACUGAAUUGAAUGUAAACUAAAAUUGAUUUUAAAAUUGAUUCAUAUAAUAAUGAAUUGAAAUAUGUUCUCAGGAGGAAUGCAAUAUACUUGAUUUCAUGUAUAUUUGCAUUCCUCCUGUUUCAUUUUCCAACGUGCCUCUCCUUGUCCAUUUUAUCGUGUUCCAUCGUGGUGUGCCUUUUUCUUGGGCUGAAGAGCACAUCUUAGUAUCUAUGUACUUGAAGGAUCCGAUUGAUUUUUCAUGGCUCCUUUACCACCAUCUCAUGUUGUUGAUAUCAAUGUUAACAGAGAAGAGGUAGUGCUACUCCAUCUAGUUAGUGCUUCAAAUGAUUACACUAUCAGUAGUGCUUAUAGUUUCCUUCAACAAUCAGCAAAUCAAAAUAUCCUUGCAGAUGACAACCAUGUAUUUUGACAUAAAGAUGUUCCUUUGAAAGUCAAUUUUUUUAUGUGGCGUCUUCUUUUCAACCGCCUUCCAACGAAUGCUAAUUUAUGAGAGGAGUGAUUCCGGCUACUUGAAGGGUGUGGUAAUUUAGAGGAUAAACAAUGCCCGUGUUGUCAAAAAGAUCGGACUAAAGCAAUGAGAGAAUAAUACCAAAUCAGCUCAACCAUGCAAAAUCAACUCAUUUUGGUCUUGAAAAACACAACAUGGCAUUACAAUUCAAGAAUAAAAAAUAAAAUAAAAAUAGUUUUUGCUUUCGUAGAGAACAACAAACUAUUAAAACUUCAAACAAAGAAAAUAAAAUAUUGCAAAAGAAAUAAAUGAAGAGGAUAGUCAGCUAAUUAACCCAUGUAUUUUUUUUGUUACAAAGGCUAAAGAGCAAGGAAAACAAAAGAAACAAACAGAUAACUAAAGUCUCAAGUAAAAGGUUCCAGCAGCAUGAGAGGCAAAAGCUCCGCUGGAGGAGAGUCGUGGCGGAUGAGCUAAUUGUCAUGGCGGAUGAGCUAAUUAACUCAUGUAUAAAACAAAAUACAUUAUUCAUACAACUGAAAAAUUAGUUAAUUUCUAGAGUUCAAGAAAUACCAGCAGAACACAAAUAACAGCCCAAACAUUUUAUAACUUUGCUAGUUAUCUUCUAUUAUUCUUACCCCAAGAUCAGUAAUUAGUAAUAAUUCACUUCAUUGAAGAUUCACAAUCUGAGUUCAAAUAUAGAGUUUUCAAAAAUGACAAUGUUUUUUUAAAAGAGAGAGAUACAUAGUCAUACUCAUAUGACAUGCCCCCAUGAAGAAAAACAUGGACCAAUGUCUUACUUUGACAUCAUUUUCAACUAGAGUUUUGAUUUCUUCGUCUACCUUCUUUUGCAUUUCUUUGCCUAGCCCUAAAAUUAAACCCAAGAACUUGCAAAAAAAUAUAUGAACUAAGAAUCAAAUCAAUAAAGUGAUACAAAGUAGUGAAGGAAAAUGGUUAGGGUUUCAAAAAAAAUGGGACUUUUUAUCUUUGUUGAAGUCUUAGCAAGAUAAUGAAGGAAGGUCACUUUCCAUCGAAGAAGAAGGACACAAUUACUUUUAAAAUGACACUGUAGGGAUGAAACAAAAAUGAAAUAAUUAGAGUAUAGCACAUGCUACAGUGACCGGAAAGUUGGUCGCUAAUUUUUUAAUAGAAUGGGUAAACAAAUAUCAGAGAUUGAAUUUUCUGUCACUAAACACCGGGUUCUACUUUAGUCUCCAAACUACAUUUGGAGACGCAAAAACUUAUUGUUAAAAAAUAUUUUAGAACUUUAUGAUGAUUGAAAACUUAUUGUCAAAAUCCUUCGCUAUAAUCCCGAUUUCUAGUAGUGUUUAUGAUUGAACACUCAUGAUAUUUUGUAAGGUUUGAACAUAACUGUGUCUUGUGGCAAUAAAUCAAGCGCAGUUGUGUAAACCUUCCUAAAAUUAUUGUAGGCUAUUUUUGGAAGAAAAGAGUAAAGUAACUUGCACAAAAUUGAGAAUGAACAGUAAAUUUUUAUCACACCUCUCUCAUCGAAAUUUAGUUGUUCCAGCCGCAUAGAACAUUGUAAGCCACCAACAACCACCAUUCCAUCUUCAUUCUUCAUUGUUUUAGCCAUGAAUCCGUUCCUUAUUACAUGACAUUGUCUUAAUCUUCAUCCUAAAGAAGCUAGUGAAGCAAUCAAAUCACCUUUUAUCCAAAUAUCAUUCGCGCAAGUUGUUAAAAAUGUUUGUGAUAUACCUUUGAGACAACAAUUCCUCAACUUAGUGUUAAAGGUGACUGGAUUGCUAUAGUAAUUCCUUAAUAUGAAUACAAAGAUGGAAUCAAAACUUGUAAGGACAACUUGUACAAACGAAUUAUCUGGAAAAGCGUGCAACACAGUUGAAGUUUGGUGCCUUGCGAGCCAAGCUAUCGCCAAUAUGGAAAUCCCUAAGUAAUGGCGAAUGACCUCUCUGGGUAAGGGUUAAUUUCUGAGUCCUCCUUUACAUCUCUAGAGGAUGUUCAAAGUGUGAGAUCGAUAGGAUCUUGAAUCUCAAGAGCAUUGGAGACCUAAAGUACUCUUUGAUAUAAGCCAAUAUUUGAUGUAGACUUUGACUAUUUUGUUUGAGUCUUGGUUGAUAUGGACCUUAAAUAUCAACCCAAGUACGACGCUCUUGUUGAGAGAACAUGGUUUCAUUUUUGUGGAGAUGAGAAUAUUUUUUGUGAAUCGAACCAACUCGAAUUUAGUUUAAAACUCGAUUCGAUAAUUGAUUUAUUGAACUUAGUUCAUGAACUAAAUGAGCUGAAUUUAAGUUGAAAAUUAAGUUUGUUAAUUAUAUGAGUCGAACAUGAACUAUAUAUAGUUCGACUCGUUUGGUUCAUGAACUGACUCGAUUAUAUAUAUAUAUAGGACAUAUCUAAUGAGAAUAGCUUUGUUAUGUGAGAAUAAUGAGAACGCAUAUGGAUCCUUAGAUUAAAAAUAAAUGGUUAUGAUUAAAAGUCCUCUUUUAAACAACACAUGUUCUUUCUACAGUGUAUCAUGUUUCUAUGUUCAACCCAUCUUCAAUCCAAACAACACCAUUCCAGUAUUGCUUUCAUCUAUGCCACCCGCCGGUGACACGACAACUCCGGCAAUUUUUCGAUUGAUGGAGGAACAAUUUCCGAAAGGUUUCUGUAACUUAAAUUGAUUGUUCUGAGAUUGCAAAGCUGACUAAUCCCUGUCGGAAUCUCGUCGGAGAUGAAAUUCCAGCUGAUGCCGAAAAACUUACUGACGUGAAACAUUUAGAUCGACGAGAGUUGAGAGCUUACCGACGACGGUGUCUAUUUUUCCGGUGAGGCCAGGAUAACCGGAUCUAGAUUCGCCGAGAUUUAGAUCAACGACUUAAUGGACGGAAAAUUAAACUCUGACAAGGUUGCAGGGAUGGUCGGUGAUGGCCACAAAGUCACAUCACCCAAAGACGAUGAAGGAACCAAAACGUUUUAGAAAAUUGGGAAUGAAGAGGAAAAAAUUGAAUUAAUUUGGUUUUUCAUCUCUCGUAUUAAUUUGGAUCUAGAUUCAAUUUUAUCAUUUUUCAUCCUGUAUGUGUUUUUCAUAAGAUUGAUUUUGAACCAAUUAUGAGAGAGAAGGGAUACGACGGAUUGGGCGUGAGGAAGAAUGCAGGAUGGAAGGUGUGUUGUUGAGAAAUUUUUUUUUUUCUGCCCUUAUUUUUGCCAAAAAACACAAAACUACCCUACUUUUUCGAAAAAUUGCAAAAAUACCCUACUUUUUCUGAUACCCCUGGCACCACACAACCCCAAGUUGCGGGGUACCCUCAAAGUUGACGAAAUUUUUGUCCUUAUUAUACCCCACAACUCCAAGUUGCGGGGUACUUUCCCUAUUUUUUUUUUUUAAUUUUAAACUACCAAGCAAGAUGGACUUGCGAGGUAGUUUAUAAUUUUUUUUUUUUAAAAAUUAAAUACCCCACAACUUGGGGUUGCAAGGUAUUUUUCUAUUUUUUUUUUAAUUUUAUAAUUAAUUAAAAUAUAUUAUUUCAUCUACUAUAAAUACUUUCUUUCAUCUUUCAAUUUAUCACACCAUUUCAUUUUUUGAUAAUUAGUUGCAUUAUUUUGGUCAGGAUAUUAAUAAUGUUAAUUUAGGCAUUAAUAAUAAAGUAAUUAUAAUAAUAAUCAUUAUCUACGAAAAAUAAUAAUAAUAAUAAUAAUCAUAAUAUAUAUAAAAUAAAAAACUUACGAAAUAAAAUAAAUAUGCAAUAAAGACUAGAUUUCUACUGAUGUCUAAUAUUAGUGCAAUCUUUGCGGGAAUGAUCAGGCAUCCUACAAACGCCGCAUCUUCUCUCAGUUUCCACAUCGUCCAUCUCGGUCCUAAUGCGAGUAAUUGGUGGACGACCUUUCUUUGCCCUACGCAUCGACUUGUUGGGAACCACCUUCAGUCCUUCAUAAUCAGGCCAAUAUGACUGGUGGUGAACCACGUCGAAGUGGAUGUUGUAUACGGCGUACACACACUCAUUCGUGAAUUUGUUAUCGACAAAAGUCUUGUAGUCGUGAGAAAAGCUAGAACAUGCGGCAAUUACAUGUGAGCAUGGUAGGUGUAACGCUCUGAACCGUCCACAGUCACACCAUUUAUUUUGCAGGUCCACCUUGUAUUCUCCCUUUGGUAAUCCUUCUUUAUGGUCGAUGGUUUCACAGACAGAAAAGGUAUAUCGAUCCCGGUCAAACUGAGUGACAUGAUGACUGUUGGAUUUAAUAACCUCAUUCCUGAGAUAUUUCAUGAUGUUUUCUGAGAAUGGCUCACCAGAAUUUACCCUUGCCGCUGCUUCAUGUCCUCUUUUAGCAAACAAGGCCGCCAACCUGUAAUAGGAUGCUUUCACAAUUGCUGUGAUCGGGAGUCCUCGAAUUCCCUUAUACACGUUGUUUUGUGACUCUACCAAGUUACUUGUCAUGUGGCCCCAUCGUCGACCAUCAUCAUGUGAUUGAGUCCACUUUUCUUUGGGAAUGUUGUCGACCCAUGCUAAAGCCUUCCGGUCCGCGACAGCGAUUUCAGAGCGGUAGUAUUCGAAUGUUGGGAUGUUCAUGGCGUAACCUGCAUUGUUUUGAAAAAAUUUAGAUGUGUCUUCUUUAAACAAAUAAUAUGUCGAAAUUACAAGGAUAGAGAUAUAAUUUUUACCCAUGCCUUCAACUUUCUUCUUAAGUUCUCCAUCCUUGAACGAUCGCAUAAAGUUUUGUGCAAUGUGUCGGACACAAAACACAUGGCUUGUCGGAGCAUCAUGCCAUCCAUUCUGUGGAUCAUCAUAUGCGCUCUUUAUCGACACAUGUCUAUCAGAAAUGAGACAUAUGUUCGCCUGUGGGGUGACAUGCUGCCUUAGAUUUUUCAAAAAGAAACUCCAUGCCUCCUUGGUCUCCCCUUCCACGAUUGCGAAAGCAAUGGGAAAUAUCUUGUUGUUCCCAUCUUGCGCAACAGCUAACAACAAUGUUCCUUUGUAUUUACCAUACAACCAAGUUGCGUCAAUCUGGACAAUUGGUUUGCAGAAUUCGAAGCCCAAGAUGCACGGACGAAAGGCCCAAAAGAGACGCUUGAAGACGAUCUCAUUGACCACUUCUGUUGAUGGGUCUGUUUGAAAAUCAAUAAUUGUUCCUGGCAAAUCUUUUUCCAUGACCAUCAACCACUGUGGUAGUUCUUUAUAAGAAUCCUCCCAGUUACCAUAAAUUGAUUCAAUCGCCUUAUUUUUUGCUCUCCAUGCCUUUCUAUAAGAAAUUGUAUAAUUAAACUUCUCUCGGAUGUGUGCAAUUAUAACUUUCACCGUAAUUGAAGCAUCCAUAUGUAGUAGUGAUUUAACACUUUCACAUAUGACAUUGUAACUAAGUUUGCAAUGAUCUUGCGUCAAUUCUGUUGAGACACAUGUAUGAGGAUCCUUCAUUUUUCCAAUCUCCCAUCUAUCAGAUUUUUUCCUCCACGAGGCCCGCAAUUUGAAACCACAAGUAGUAUCUUUACAUUUGAUGACAUACCUUUCAUGAUCCGAUUGCUUCACAAAAUAAUCCCAUGAAUUUUUUAUGUGAUAAUAUCUAAUUGCGAGAAUGCAAUCAUUCUUGUUAUGAAAUUGCAUCCCCGGAGAAAUACCUUCAUCGACUGGAAGAGUCAUUGACUGAUAAAGCUCAGUUGAGUGGUCAUCAAUGACGUUGCGCAUAGACCUUGGUGGGUUGUAAGAAGCUCUGAUCGGUGAAAUUGGUAGUUGUGGCACAAUGUCUUCUUCGUCUUCUUCGUUCUCAUCACCGCUUUGUGCAGCAAGGAGUUCUUCAUCAUCAUCGUCAUCAUCAUCUUGAACUUCAUCAUUUGAGUGGUCCUGGAUUUGGGAGGUGAAUAUAUUUAUUUCAUCGUUUAAAGUUUGAGAUUGUGUUUGAGAGGGAUCAACUUGAGUUAAUCUUUGUGAUGGUUCGUACUGAUUUUGUGACCAUUGUGAAUGAAAAGAUUUUGAUGAUGAUGGAUUGUAGUGCGGUUGUGAUGAUGAUGGAUUGUAGAAUUGACUAGAACUUGAUGGGUAAUUUAACUCAAGAUUAGAUGUUGGAUUCUUCAUCUCAAACGUAACAUAAAGCUCUAUGUAGGACAAAGAACUGUGACUCUUAUGUACGUCAAACAUAAACUCGACAUCGUCGUUAUCGGUUAGUCUUAACGCCUGGUAGUGAAUUGUGCUAGCUCCAUGAAGAGGGUGCACCACUAAGCACUCGUACACGACAACACAUACAACCAAGUCCAUUUAUUGAGGAUUAUCUACGUCAAGCUGGAUUUUAUGAGGUUACGCAAAUAGGGCAUUAUAAAAUUGACAGACAUAUCGUAACCGCUCUUGUAGAAAGAUGGCGAUCCGAGACACAUACUUUUCAUUUUCGAACAGGUGAAUGUACAAUCACGCUGGAAGAUGUAUAUAUGUUACUUGGCAUACCUUUUGGAGGACAAAUUGUUACGGGUCCUCCACAUCUUUCAUGGGAUAUUUGUUUUCAACUCUUGGGAAUAGCUGCUCCAGAACGCAAAACUGAUGGUUUUACUCUCUCAUUGGCGUGGUUAAAGGAAAAUAUGGUCGAUCCAAACUUCAAUCAACAAUCACCUCCAGAAGUCAAAAUACAACACACUAGGAGGUACAUACUAUACCUCAUUGGGGGUUUCUUGUUUCCAAAUACAACUGGAUUAUAUGUGCACAACUCUUGGUUGUAUUUGUUAAUGGAUUUUAAUGAAACAAGAAAAUAUAGUUGGGGAUCGGCAGUUUUAUCUUACCUUUAUCGUGGCUUGUGUGAGGCAUCCCACCCAAACAUAAAAGUUAUAGCUGGAUGUCAUUUUCUCUUACAAGUUUGGGGAUAUUGUCGAUUGACUCAUAUCGCUCCGAGAAAUUCAAAACCACUCCAGUGGCCGUUAGGAUUAAAGUAAGCAUGGUCAACACCCUUUUUUUUUAUUUUUUAUUAAUUCCCGCACAUAUUCUCGCCUAUUACUAUUUUUAUUUUUUUAGUAAAUCUAAUUUUUUUAAUUUAAUUUGUUAGAUGGACAGGAGUAGGUUCAAGGUACUACGACAAUCCAAGCCAUGACACUAUAUCUUACAGAAAACAGUUUGAUGACAUACUACAGCAUGAUGUAAUAUAUCCUUCAUUUUUGAAUUAUUCCUUCAUAUAUAUAUGUAUAACAAAAUUAUUAACAAUACACUAUAUAUUCUCUUUUGUCCCAGUUUAAGUGGAGACCAUACAAGAGAGUUCCACACGAUUUGCCUGCUGACUAUUGGGAUUGUACUGCGACAACUUACCUUAUAUGUUUUGAUAAGGUUGAAUGGCAUCCAACUGAUAGGGUCAAGCUUCAAUUUGGUUUGUCACAAGAAAUACCAGGGGCCCCAAUAAACAUGCAGCAAUUCCAUAAGUUGGACAAACGGUACAAGGCGUGGUAUGAAUCAAGAGGUUUUCGCUUUCCACAAGAGAGCGAACAUUGGGACAAUCGACGCCUUUAUACAUUACCACAAAUGCGGCCAAAAUCUCUCACCCCAACUCAUUCGUAUAUUGAUUGGUUGACAACCACUUGCAAUCCACGUCUGAGGAUUUCAAUUGACAGAAUGCCAAUAAAUUCAGAUCCAGAAGAGGAAGAAGAGCCGGAGAUAGAACCAGAGCAUGAAGCUGAAAUUCACAACAACCAACCACCAAUUCAUGAUGAUUUUUGGGAUGAAGACUUUCUUAACCGACUAGAUGAUCCUCAAUCCCAACCACCUACAACACAAAACACUCAAGGUUCUAUAAUGUAUGAUUUUCUUGACACCCCACAACAAAAUAUCAUCCAACCACCACCAUAUACCACCCCAAGAAAUGCAUAUAACCGUAAUUAUCAGUCAACUUACCAACUGAAUUCAAUGUCAAAUUUUGGUUACAAUGACCCAAACCAAGCUGGACCAUCCACCGGUAACUACUUCUCCUAUAAUGACCCAAGCCAAGCUGGACCGUCCAACACCAAUUACCCCCCCCCCCCCCUACAACGACCCCCAAUACUCAAUGUACACCAACCAAAACUACAACCAACCAACACCAACAAACCUACUAUCUCACUUCUCUCCGGAUGCGAUGAACUCCAAUGAACAAUUUCUGGAUAUGGGUUGGCCAACAAGGGAACACGAUGUGUCGUUGUCGUUGGGUUAUGGCAGUCAGACACAAUCAACUGCAGAUAAUAAUGACGAAACCCAACAUGACGCUCAAGUAAAUCGUCAAAGAAAUCGUCGUAGACGAGGGUGUGGGACAGGAGGGCAUUUGUAAUAAUUGUAUAUUUGUUAUUAGUUUAUAAAAAUUAAGUUUUUUCUAUUUUUUUUGUUAUUGGCGCGGAACCCCAAGUUGAGUACCUUGCAACCCCAAGUUGUGGGGUAUUUAAUUUUUUAAAAAAAAAAUUAUAAACUACCUCGCAAGUCCAUCUUGCUUGGUAGUUUAAAAUUAAAAAAAAAAAAUAGGGAAAGUACCCCGCAACUUGGAGUUGUGGGGUAUAAUAAGGACAAAAAUUUCGUCAACUUUGAGGGUACCCCGCAACUUGGGGUUGUGUGGUGCCAGGGGUAUCAGAAAAAGUAGGGUAUUUUUGCAAUUUUUCGAAAAAGUAUGGUAGUUUUGUGUUUUUUGAAAAAAAGAAGGGCAGAAAAAAAAAAUUCGUGUUGUUGAAUGGGUUCUUGAAAAAUGAUAGAAUAAGGAGUGGAACAGGUGUUAUUUUAAAUGUCUUUUUUAAUCUCAAUCAUCCAUUUUUGAUCUAAUGGUUAAUAAACAUUCUCACCAUUCUCAUAUAAAAUAUUCAUUCUCAUAUGAUAUGUCCUAUAUAUAUAUAGAGAGAGAGAGAGAGAGAGAGAUUUGUUAGAACACACCCAUUAGUUUUUAUGUGGGAGUGUUUUAGCAAGUUAUGACUAAAAAGUUAAUAAAUACACCAUAAGAUGUAUGUUGCUAUAACACACCUUCUAAAAAAAAAGUGAGUGUGUUCUAGCAAAUUCUAUAGGCAUUUGCUAGAAUACACACAUAUUUUUUAGAAUGAGUAUUUUAGCAAGUGAAAAAUUAAAAAGUGAUUAAAUACACUUUAACGUGUAGCUUUGCUAAAACACUCCUACAUAAAAACUAGUGGGUGUGUUCCAGCAAACCCUAUAUAUAUAUAUAUAUAUAUAUAUAUAUAUAUAUAUAUAUAUAGGGUUUGCUACAAUAGACCCACCUUUUUUCAUGAAGGUAUAUUUUAGCAAGGUGCACCUUUUACUUUAGACAUAAUAACCCAUAUAUUUUAGCAAGGUAUAUUUCAUGAAGGUAUAUUUAAUAAAAUAAAAAAUAAUCUGAAAAUUUUAAUAAAAAUGAAAAAGAAUCCGGUAAAAUGAAAAAAAUUUGGAAAAAUUAAUAAAAAGUUCUAGAAAAUUUUAAAAAAUAAUAAAAAAUCUGGAAAAAUUUAAAAAUAUGAGAAAAAAUUUAUAUUUCUGGAAAAUUCAGGAACUUCUUAUAUUUCGAAAUUCAUGAAUAUAAUAAGAAAAUACAUUUUAUUUUUUUAAAAAAAAAGUUCAGAUUUUUCUUUCGAAAUUAAAAAGUUUGUUUUUUUUUAUUUUUUAUACAAAAAAUAAAAAUAUUGAAAAAUAUUUCAAUAAUUAAAAACACAUAACAUUAGAUCAUGAAGAAUAGAAUUAAGGGCUUCUUAUUCAAUAGUAUAACAUGACUUAUAUACUGAUGUUAAUCAAAAUCCAUUGUAUCUUGUUAUUCAUCUAGAUUAUAUUUUCGAAUAAAAUAAAAUUCUAGCAAUAAAUUUUCAUAAUUAAAAUAACUAUAUAAUAUUAUAUUGUCGAUUUUUUUUAUAAUUUUAAUUUAAUUCAGAAUGUUUUUAUAUUUUUUGAAAAAUUUGAUAUAUAUAAAUUUUUUCCAUAAUUUUUUAUUUUUUUUAACUUUUUCCAGAUUUUUUUUUAUUUUCGUGAUUUUUUUUCUUAAAUUUUCUAUAUUUUUUCAUAAUUGUUUUUUCAUUAUUUUUUAUUUUUAAUAAUUUUUCCAGAAUUUAUUUUUUAUUUUUAUUUUAAAAAAGAAAUACAAAUGCCACGUGUACCAUUUAAAAAAAAUAAAAAAUAAUAAUAAUGCAGUCAUCACGCCACAUAAUCAGAUAUGCACAGUAAGCAUGCCACAUCAUCUCGCCACGUCAGCAAUUAUGCACAGUCACAUAGAUCAGGGGCUAAAAUCAAAGAAUCUUAUUUUACAUGGUUGGAAACUUUUUUUUUACUGGAAGGUAAACCGGAACUCGCCUAAAUUACAGGGAUAAAUACAUAUUAACCCUUAAUGUUUUUUACUUUAUUUUUUCUUCUCUCUCUCAUUCUAUCUCUUUCGGUUCCCUUUGUUCUUCCUCUUUUUUUUCUAUUCCCUCAUUGGUAAUUCUUAGACAGUCACGAAUCAAGCACAUGAAAUUGAAGAAGAACCUUAAGCUCUCAAUGUUGCUCAAUAGCUUCUUUGUUAAAGGCACAAACGUUUGUUUUGCUUCAAAGAAUUUGGUAAAAUGAAGUAGUUUCUUGAUCUCUUCAUUCAUUCUUCAACAACAAUCACCAUUAUAACACUUAGAUCCCUGGAUUCAAAAUACUACGAGUUUGAUUCAAAAAAUUAUGAAUGGAAAGACCAUCUUAUUUUCCCUUGUUUUUAUACAUACCAGUUUGAUUCAAAAAAUUGAAUCAAGGACCGGUAAUGUUUUGAAAUUAUUGUUGUGGAUUCAACUGAGUUUCAAGGAUAAAAUUAUGUUGAAGGUGGCGAUGGUGAUUGGAAUGUCCAUGAAAGAAGAAUGGUAGAAGAAUAGAAAAAGGGAAACCCGACAUAAGAGAAUGAAAGAGAGAAAUGAAGAAAACUAAGGAAAUAAAAAACAUUAACACUGUGUUUCGUAGAGGAGAAAAAGGAGAGAGAGAAGUUGAAGAGAGAGAAAUAGGAGAGAAGUCCUUCACUUCUGUUGUUUGGUUGUGGUGAGAAACAGAGAAGGGAGAGUUAAAACCUGUGGGACCCACUGCUUUUUGAAUCUUCUCAUGGAUGAGGAGAAACAGGCGAGAGAGUUGCAAUUUUUGCAAUUUUCCAAUUAUGCCCUUCCAUUGCAUGAAGAAAAGACAAAAUCUUAAGUAUAUAAUUGAAUGGUUGUGUUCGUAUGUGAAGUUUAUUGCACUUUUAAUUAAUUUCAUAGUAAAAAAUCCUCAAAGUAAAUUAACUUAGCAACUAAAAUAAUAUGAACCACACUUCACUAUAAAAAAAUUAACUUAUUAACCACACUUCCGUACUAUAACUUAAUGAAAAUUAUUCAUUUUUUAAUUAAUUCAAAUAAAGAUUUUAGUUAACGUUGUUAAAAAAAAUGUAUUGCAGGUAAUAUAAAUUAUUUUUUUCACUUAUUCAAAAAAAAAAAAAAAUUCACAAAAAUGAACAUAAAUUAUGUUUUUCUACUCCAAAUAAUUCAAAUAAAGAUUUUAGUUAACGUUGAUAAAAAAAAGUAUUGCAGGUAAUAUAAAUUUAUUUUUUCACAAAAGGAAACAUAAAUUAUGUUUUUCUACUCCAAACAAUUAUUUAGUUUCUUUUUAUUUUGUUUAAGGGUAUUAUUGUCCUUUAAAAGCAAUUACAUUAUUCUUUCUCUUCUAUCUCUCUUAUCUUUCUCUUCUACCAAACAUUACAUCAAAUUUACUCAAUCUCUCACCUUUUUCUCUCUUCUCAAACUCUCUCUUAGGGUGUGUUUGGUUGUCAGAAGAAAGUGUAAAGAGAGAAAGAGGUGAGAGAGAGUUAGAAAAGAGAGAAGUUGAUGAGAAAUAGAGUAGAUUUGAGAUAUUGUUUGGUAUAAGAGAGAAAGAAGAGAAAUAGAAGAGAAAGAAGUGUGUUCAUUUUUUAAAAGACUUAAAUACCCCUAUACUAAAAAAGUUAAUAUAUGAUAUUGUUAUAUUUGAAUUUAAUUUCAUAUAAACAUUAAUGUACUUUUUUAUAUUAAUUUAAUUAAGAAUAAUUAAACCACAUUUUUACAGAGAAAUUGAGUAAAUUAUUUACUUAAUUAAUUAUUCAAGAUAUUUGAAUUUAAUCGAUUAAAUUAAUUCUUUUUUACGUAGUCAUUUAGAUUAAAUUAAUUCAUUAGUUAACUAAUCAGUAAAUUCCAAUAGUUUAAUCCUGUUUUACAAGAGAGAUCAAAUAAGGAGAAGCAUAUAGUUGCUUAGUUUCCUUCGCAACUUUUGUUCUCGACCUGCUACAACAAUAAAAGAAAAAUACUAGAAAACAAAAUGAUAAAUAAUACUAGUAGCCACUAGGGGUUCAGAACCGAACCGAUCCAAAAAAAAAACCGUCAACCGAUCCAAAAAACCGAAAACCGCAAAAAACCGAUUUUUUUUGGAUGUGUUUGGGCCAUAAAAAUUAAAACCGACCGGUUCGGUUCGGUUUUCGGUUUAUAACUUAAGAACCGGACCGAACCAAACCGAACCACACUUAUUAUACUGUUACUAGACUAUUCUAUUACUUAGGCCGGUUUUGUCAGCUGAAACCCUUCAGAUCGCUCUCAUCAGUUACCAAAGCAAACUAGCCAACUAUCAAAGUACCAAGUACCAAGAGCGUGUUUAAUUCUUUCUUACUCCCAAUGAUGACUUUUGCUAUUAAACUGAAGGAAUCAAAUGGUUCAUUCACUAAUCUACCAACACUCCAAACACUAAUCUCCUCUCUUCUCUCCCUUUGCAAUGCGUCGCUCAGGUAACAUUUUUGUGCAUACUCACUACUACUCUGAUAGUCUUUUCCUUCUCUUCAAUAGCUGAAUCAGAUGGAUUAGAAAGAAUGGGUUUUUUUUGGUCCUAUUUGUGAAAUCCAUGAUCAAAGGGCGCUAUUGAUAAUGUAAUUUGGGUUUCUUAUAAUUUUGAAUGCUACUGGUAGCUUAUAUUUUUUGCAUUAUAAGGAAGGGAUGCGUCCCUGUAGAGUUUGGUAGCUAGCUUUUCUUAAAUAAAAUUAGCUUGUGAAAAUCCAUCCGGAAGAAUAUAUUAGAAAGGAUGGGUUCUAAUUAAAUAAAAUUAGAUUAGAAAUUUAUCUUAGAAAAAUUAGCUUGGGUUUCUUUAAGUAUUUUACUUAAAUAAAAUUUAUCAAUUUGUCAAAAUCCAUGAUCAAUAGUUGAAUGAAAUAGAUUAGAAAGAUCAAGUUCUUUGAUUCACUUGCUUCUUUGUGUAUAAAAAAUGUUGAUUGAUUUUUUUUUUUAUCACUUACUUCUUUAGUAUAAUUUCUUCUUGUAUAAAAAAUGUUUGGAACAACAAUUGUUGAUUUGUUUUUUUCCACGUAAGAAUGUAUGUUUGUUUAAGGAAAAAAAUAAAAUUCAAAACAAUCAAAAUUUAUGUUUGAAAUCUUCUUUGUUAUAGAAUUAUUUGUUAAUUCGUAUGUGUAUACUUUGCAGGCUGAAAACACUCAAACUAAUAAGAGUAGAAUAGCUGAAAAUGUUGAAUCUAUUGCUGAACAUGAACUACUUGCAACACUACCAUGGAUAGCAUUUGUUUAUAUUGUUUCAGGCUACAAAAGUUUCUUUAUAAUUGCAUGCUACAAAAGUUUGCGGCAACUUAUAUGUAUCCGGUAUACUUAUCCUACAAAUUAUAGAAUUAGGAAAGAAUUUUCUACAACAUAAUAUAUUAAAUAUAAAAGAGAUACUAUAAGUCAUAACUUUAUAGGUGUAGAAUAAGGAAAAAGCUUCUCUCAAAAUAAUUUUUAAUAAGAAUAUUACUAUCACUUUUUUACAAUUUGGAUAACCGAAAACCGAUCCAAAUUAAAUCGCGAUAAUUUGGAUCGGAUCGGUUCGGAUUUUUUUUCUACCACCAAUUGAACCGAGCCGAACCGCAUAUGUUUUAUUUUUUGGAUCGGUUCACUUUUUGCCUCAUAACCGAGCCGAACCGCACCGCAAACACCCCCAGUAGCCACUGUAUAUAUCACUGAAACAAGGGAGAAAUGUGGAAAAUAGAAAAAAGUUUGUGUCCAUUUCUCCGCACAUAUGGAGAGAAGUGAAAUAGGCAUGGGUCCCACAAUAUUUUGUCUCUCUUCUCAACCAAACACAAGAGAUUGCCCAUCUCUCUCCAACUUCUCUCUCCCUUCUUUCUCUCUUUUGUAUUUCUCUCCUACCAAACACAUCGUUACUUAUUUCUCUAGAUCUUCACAAUUUCUCUUCGUAACCAAACACACCCUAAUGAUUUCAGUCAAACAAAAUAAAAUCAUUUAUGACUAAACUAAAAUUACACGUAUGUCGCUUUGUCAAAAAGCAAAAAUAUGGAUAUUAAUGUCUAAAAUAAAAGGUACACCUUGUUAAAAUAGACCUUCAUAAAAAAAUAUGAGUCUAUUAUAGCAAACCUCAUUUAUAUAUAUUAUAGUUACUCUCAUUUUUAUUUAGAAGAUAUAAAAAUUAUAUUCAAAUAAUUCACUAAUAACAACAACCGUCGACCCUAUCAAUUGUAUCUUCGAACGACAUUUUGCAGUAACUAGUCUGCACAAAAUAAUCUCAUAACAAUAAUGUGGCAUGCGGAAAUAAAGUAUAGUUUUUUAUUUGACAAAAGAAAUAAAAUAUUGUUGAGAAAUAACAAUUUAUCAGUUUUUAUAAUGAAUGAAAAUGUGUAAAAGUUUUUAUUUUUAAAAGAAAAGGAUUUUUGUUUAGAAAAAAAAAAGGCUUAAUUGAUCCUCUCGUCUCUUAACUUAAUUCUUUUUUUUGAAUUGGUCCUGUAACUCUUAAAAGUCUCAAAUUGGUCCUUUAUAUGUGUUUCCGUCGGUCAAUUUAAUCCUAUUUCGUCAAUUUUAAUCUUCUAAAAAGGGAGACCGUUGGAUAAAGGAGGUUUGUGAGAUUUAACCAUGUAUCACCAACACCUAAUUUAUUUCACUUUUCAUCAUCUUCUUCCCUCAUCUUCAUCUUCAUACAAGCUUCAUCAAUCUUCAUAAAAAAAAACCUAUUUUUUUCUUUAAAAAAUUAAACCAUUUAAUUUCAACAAAUACUACAUAAUCAAACCCUUAAAUCUAGAAUUAACAUCACCACCAUAUUAAUAUAAACCUAGAAGAUCAACAACAAAUAACCCAGAAAACAAAACAAAACUCAUCAUUUUAACUCCUCACCUCAUCAUUAACAAAAUAAAAUCCAUUUCUUAAAACCCAUUUGAAAUUUGAAACCCGUCAUCACUUCAAAACUCAUCAGCAACAGUAAAUAUCUCUAUAACGACAGAUUCAAUGAAAGGAAAAGAGAAUCUUAAAACCCAAUGCUUGAUUAAAUAAAUGUCCCAACCCAUUUCUCACAAACCCAUUAAGCAUCAAAAUUCUCAUACUUGCAAUUGAUUGCUUUCCAAAUAUGAUUCCAACGGAGAUUUGAUUUUGUGUAUGUGGUUGUGAUUCUGAAAAGGACCGUGAGAUGGAGAUUUGAUUUUGGUGCAGGUUCAAGAACACAUGCAUGUUCUAGCGUUUCUGUUGAAAUGGUGUUGGUGUUGAGAUUCUGGUGAUGGUGUUAUUGUGGUAAUUCUGAUUUAGGAGAAGAGAAGAGAAGAAUAGGAGGAGGAAGGAAGAAUAUUAAUAUUUAUGGGUAAUUUUGAUUUUGUGGGUAGUUCAGAUUUGCUGGGUUUAUUUUUGGUUUAAUUGCUCAAUAUUUAUGAAGUUAAUGAAGAGGAAGAUGAAGAAAAAGUAUGAAAACCUUUAUCUUGAUAAGAUCCACAGUUUACUCAACCCUUUGCGGAGAACAAGUAUGAAAAUUUGACAAAUUCUAUUAUUAGAAAAUUUGAUUAAAUUGAAUGUUAUACUAACCCUUGAAUUAUUCAAACAAAUCAGCACCUAAUAACAAUAUGAUACAUUGAGCUGGAAAUUAAUGGAAUUCAAUGCGGCUAUAACAUAUGGGGUGCACCAUGUGCGAAGGUGAUUAUGAUGAUAAUGUUGGAUUUGGGUAUGAGAACAGUGUGAUCUUGGGAAGCAAUGAUAAUGCUAGAAUCGGGUAUGAUAUUUGAAGUUGGUAGGAUGGAUUUUUGAAAGAAAAAAAGAAAUGUAUUUUUUUACGAAGAUGAUGAAGAUUGUUGAAUGUUGGAUGAAGAUGAAGAUGAAGAUGAGGGAAGAAGAGGAAGGAAAGUGAAAUAAAUUAGGUGUUGGUGAUACAUGGUUAGAUCUUACAGACCUCCUUUAUUCAACGGUCUCCUUUUUUAGGAGAUUAAAAUUGACAAAAUAGGACUAAAUUGAUCGACAAAAAUACAUAUAAAGGAUCAACUUGAGACUUUUAAGAGUUAUGAGACCAAUUUAAAAAAAAAAUUAAUUUAAGGGCUGAAGGAUCAAUUAAGGCAAAAAAAAAAAAAACAGUUGUCAAAAACACAAGUACGUUACUAUUAUAAAUUUCUUUCUAUACACAAGAAUGGUGUUCUUUCUGUUAAGCAGUGAAUUUCUGCAUAUUAUAUUUUAUCGAAAAAUUGGUAAAAUAGAUAAACUUGUUCAAGAUGUUCAAUACAUUGAAUUAAAGUGGAUGCAUAAGACAAAUAUCAGUAAAUGACACACACCGGAACUAAUUACUCCAAAGAUCAUUAUUCUGUCGGCCACGUUUUAAAGGUUAAAGUGGAUCAAUCAUACUAUUCCUAACAAUUAUACAAUAAUGGACUAGAUUCAUAAACAUUGAUGUACUUUUCAUUUGUGUUCAACUCGGAAAACAAAGAGACAAAUAAUAUACCAAUAAAAGGAGUGAUAUUUGUACAAUUCUUGUGACAAUUACAUUUCUCUUCUUUUUAUUGAACAAAAAUAAAGGAGAGAAAAAAAGAAAAGAGAGAAUAAAAACACAUGUAAAUAUGAGAAAAAAUGAUUAUUUUAAAAGUUGUUUAAAUGGAGAUGUACACUUUCUCUAUCAAUUUGAUCCCGAUAACAAAUUUGUGAUUGAAAAUGUGUGUCCUAGAAACACCCAAUCAAUAAUGGAACCUUGCAAGCAAGUUGCAUAAACUUGUGGUUGAAAAUGUGCGUCCCACGUGAACGUUUGCUCACAAUUAUUGACCACCCUACUUUGCUGACUUUCUACUUUCAUUGCAUUUAUUCUCAAAGGUCUCCUUCAUAAUAGUUCAGCAUUCAUUAUAUCUAAACAAAUUUCUAAUCUUCUUAUCUUUUCAACUCUUUCUUUCUUUUCACAAAAAAAAAUGGCUGACGCUUUGCUUGGAGUUGUGUUUGAAAAUUUGACGUCUCUCCUUCAAAAUGAAUUUUCAACCAUUUCUGGAAUCAAGUCAAAGGUUCAAAAGCUAUCAAACAACUUAGUUCACAUCAAGGCUGUUCUUGAAGAUGCUGAGAAGAAACAAUUCAAAGAACUCUCUAUUAAGCUAUGGUUACAAGACCUCAAAGAUGCUGUUUAUGUGCUCGAUGAUAUCCUUGAUGAGUAUUCAAUCAAGUCUGGUCAACUUAGAGGAUCAUCCUCUCUCAAACCAAAGAACAUCAUGUUUCGCAGUGAGAUCGGCAACAGGUUAAAAGAGAUUACAAGGAGGUUAGAUGAUAUUGCUGAAAGUAAGAACAAGUUUUCUCUACAGAUGGGUGGAACUCUUAGGGAAAUCCCAGAUCAAGUAGCUGAAGGGCGCCAAACCGGCUCAAUUAUUGCUGAAUCAAAAGUGUUUGGACGAGAAGUUGAUCAAGAAAAGAUUGUCGAGUUUCUUCUCACCCAUGCGAAGGACUCUGACUUCAUUUCUGUCUAUCCCAUUUUUGGUUUAGGUGGUAUUGGAAAAACAACUCUUGUUCAAUUGAUCUUCAAUGAUGUUAGGGUGAGUGGCCAUUUUGAUAAAAAAGUUUGGGUUUGUGUUUCUGAGACUUUCUCGGUCAAGAGGAUUUUGUGUUCUAUUUUCGAAUCUAUCACAUUAGAGAAGUGUCCUGACUUUGAGUAUGCUGUAAUGGAAGGAAAGGUGCAAGGAUUGUUGCAAGGGAAAAGAUAUUUGCUGGUUUUGGAUGAUGUGUGGAAUCAAAAUGAACAAUUGGAAUCUGGGUUAACACAAGAUAGAUGGAAUCGUUUGAAAUCUGUUUUGUCGUGUGGAUCUAAAGGUAGUUCCAUUUUAGUGUCCACUCGUGAUGAGGAUGUUGCAUCAAUCAUGGGGACAUGGGAAAGUCACCGUUUGUCUAGUCUCUCUGAUAGUGAUUGUUGGUUGUUGUUCAAACAACAUGCAUUUAAACGUAACAAAGAAGAGGAUACAAAGCUUGUGGAAAUUGGAAAGGAGAUAGUAAAGAAAUGUAAUGGAUUGCCUCUUGCAGCAAAAGCAUUGGGGGGUUUGAUGAGCUCAAGGAAUGAAGAGAAGGAAUGGCUUGAUAUUAAAGACAGUGAGCUUUGGGCUUUACCACAAAAAAAUUCUAUUUUGCCUAAUGGAUUUAUUUCAUCUAUGGGUAAUUUGGACGUUGAUGAUGUUGGAAACACGGUUUGGAAGGAAUUGUACCAAAAAUCAUUCUUUCAAGAUAGAAAGAUGGAUGAAUAUUCUGGAGACAUUUCUUUUAAGAUGCAUGAUCUUGUCCAUGAUCUCGCUCAAUUAGUAAUGGGGCCAGAAUGUAUGUAUUUGGAGAAAAAAAACAUGACCAGUUUGUCAAAAAGCACACACCACAUUGGUUUUGACCUCAAAGACUUGUUAUCCUUUGAUAAGAAUGCUUUCAAAAAAGUUGAAUCCUUGAGAACAUUGUUUCAGUUGAGUUAUUAUUCCAAAAAAAAACAUGAUUUCUUCCCAACAUACCUUUCUCUUCGGGUUUUAUGCACAUCCUUUAUCCGGAUGCCAUCACUAGGGAGUUUAAUUCAUUUAAGGUAUUUGGAACUUCGUUCUCUUGACAUAAAUAUGUUGCCUGACUCAAUUUACAACCUAAAAAAGCUGGAAAUCUUGAAAAUAAAACACUGUGAUAAACUUAGCUGGCUUCCAAAACGCUUGGCUUGUUUACAAAAUCUUAGACAUAUAGUCAUUGAAUAUUGUGAAUCUUUGUCUCGUAUGUUUCCUAACAUUAGAAAAUUAACUUGUUUAAGAACAUUAAGUGUGUACAUUGUUAGUUUAGAGAAAGGGAAUAGCUUGACAGAGUUACGUGAUCUAAACCUCAGUGGAAAACUGAGUAUCAAAGGAUUAAACAAUGUUGCUAGUUUAUCUGAAGCUGAAGCGGCUAAAUUGAUGGAUAAAAAAGACCUUCAUGAAUUAUGCUUGUCAUGGGGAUACAAGGAGGAAUCUACGGUUAGUGCUGAGCAAGUACUUGAAGUGCUUAAACCUCACUCAAAUCUCAAAUGCUUGACAAUAAAUUACUAUGAAAGAUUAUCGUUACCAAGUUGGAUAAUUAUUCUUAGUAAUUUAAUUUCUCUUGAACUUGAGGAAUGCAACAAAAUUGUGCGGCUUCCGUUACGUGGUAAACUACCAUCUCUAAAAAGACUGAGAUUAUCUCGUAUGAAUAAUCUGAAAUACUUGGAUGAUGAUGAAUCUGAGGAUGGUAUGAAGGUGAGGGUUUUCCCAUCUCUGGAGAAACUCUUAUUAGAUUCUCUACCAAACAUAGAGGGGUUAUUGAAAGUGGAAAGAGGGGAGAUGUUUCCUUGUCUUUCUAGGUUGGAUAUCUGGAAUUGCCCUAAACUGCUUGGACUGCCAUGUCUUCCAUCUCUUAAAGAACUCGAGAUAUGGGGAUGUAACAAUGAGUUACUGAGGUCAAUCUCUACCUUCCGUGGUCUUACUCAGCUUUCCCUAUAUAACGGUUUCGGAAUAACAUCCUUCCCAGAGGGGAUGUUCAAAAACCUUACUUCUCUUCAAUCUCUGUCUGUAAAUGGUUUCCCAAAACUGAAGGAGUUACCAAAUGAACCCUUUAACCCAGCUUUGACGCAUCUGUGUAUCACUUAUUGUAAUGAGUUGGAGUCCUUACCAGAGCAAAAUUGGGAAGGUCUUCAAUCCCUUCGAACUCUAAAGAUUCGUAAUUGUGAAGGAUUGCGAUGCUUGCCGGAGGGUAUUCGACACCUCACAUCUCUUGAAUAUUUAUAAAUGUCCAACAUUUGUGAGAAGGGUGCAAAGAGGGAAUGGGGGAGGAUUGGGACAAGAUAGCUCAUAUUCCAAAAAUACAGUUUAAGUUUGAAUGGGAGGAUUAAGAAGCAGAGACGUUUACCCUUUAUCUGCCUUAAUCACCAUCGCAAAAAUAUAUUUUACUGGUAGGAUCUCAAUUUCCCCUUCUUAUGUUUGGAUUUCAACUGCUCAAAAAUCUUUAUUUUUAUUUUUAUUUUUGAUAAAAAAAUCUUUAUUUUUAUUCUCGUAGUUAACUUCUUUGGAACCCAUUCCACAGAAACAGUUCCUGAGUACGUACAUGAAAGAUAUUUUACUGCUCAACCUACGGACAAUUGUUCUAAUUCUGGUAAUUUUCUUCAUCAUACUUUUAUUUUUUUAAUUUUAUUUUUUGAUUUUUUUUUUAUAAUUUUGCUGAUUUUGUGGAGAUUGAAUUGAAUGGUUAGGAUUUCCUUUGAUACACAAGGGUGGGGUCGACAAAUAAAGGGAGGGAUUAACAGGAACAAACGUACCUAAUGAUGAAGAUGACAUGGUUCGGGUCGGAGCUCAGUGCACAGUAGAAAGUCUGAUCAUCAAGGUUUUCUCCAUUUUUAUUCUUAAGUUUUUGUUGGUCUUUUUUAUUUAUUUGUUUUAGACUGUUUAUUUGAAUGAUAUAUUGUUUGGCUUCCUCUAUGAUAGCUUGUAAAAUAGCAGCAAUGGUUCCUGAUAGAGUUCUCUCCUUGGCUUUGCUAAAUGCAACAGGUGGAGAUUUUCAAUGUUUGCCAGAGGUAUAUGUCCCUUUUAUAAUUCUUUGAACAAUUUGAUUUAUUUUUACGGCACUGUGAUUAGAGCAUUGACGACGCUAUUUUUGUAAGACGUUAACUACAUCAAUGAUUGCUAGCCACACUUUUUAAUUACAAACUUAGUUCAGGACGACUGGACUUGCAUACAUAAUAAGUAUAAUUUGUUGGUACUGAUUUUAGGUGAUCCUUUAGGACAAAUUUAGUUGAGAAUUUAUCUUUCUAUGGCUUUGAGUCAGAAUUUUGUUAAGAAUUUCGUAGUACUAAAAUCGUCUUGGUACGUUAUUUGCAGAUUUUUAAAGAAUAUUGACGGUUGUCGAUGCAUGCACUAAACUCUGACCAACCUGUGAAGUAUUUCUCAAGACAGUUAUCUGGAAGAAGAUGUAUGCUAGUUUUAUCUCUUCCCUGCAUCUUCUUAUCCCCAAAUUACUUUCUAAUUUAAAUUUCUAUAUGCAGGAAUCACUUGCUUUCUCUGUUUUUGUAUGGAAUAUGUCUACGAGUAAAAUUAUUGUGAGAAUUGGGCCAUAUCUUUAGAAUUGACGCUGAGCUUGUUAAUGCAACAAAUCAAAAUUCUUGGUUCAAGCUAUUAGCCAGGUGUGUAUACAGCUCUUCAUUAGGAAGGUGUGUAUUUAGCUAUUUCAUGAUUCUAGUCGAGUCACUCAUGUUAUUUCAUUAUGUUUGUGUCAGAUAUGUUGUGGAAUGCUGCUGAAUCGCAGCCAUGUUUGUGUCGGACAAUGUUAUUGAUCAAGUUGUGUUGUGUCCACUGCUUUUGCUGAAAGCAAGAGGAUACUUCAGCUGAACCACAGAAACUAUAAGAGGUGAUGAUUUUGGAUGAUAUCAAUGAGAAAUCAACCGUUUAAUUUGAUAACAAAGUGAAUUUUACAUCUUUUAACUCUUUAUAUUUUAGUAUAUUAGCAUUAGUCAUAUCACUUACAGAGAGCAUCUCCUGUGAAACUGAACAGGUGACACUUAUUUCGCUUCGAACUAUGGAUAUUGUUGAAUGUGAGGAAUUCAGAUCCCUGCCAUAAGGUAUUUGGCACCUCACUUCACUUGAGUUUUUGAAUAUUCGUGGUUACCCAAAAUUUGUUUAGUGGAAUGAAGACAUUUUUUAAGAGACUUUAUUCAUGUGAACCUUGUGAUUUUGUCUCAGACGAAAUCGAUUAAAAUUGUCAACCUUAUGGGUCAGAUUAUCGUUAUCGCAUCUCCACUUCCGUUGAUGCUGGUAUUGAUAUGGUAUAGAUCUUCAUUCCUAUAGUAUUAAUUUUAACAUAUAUUACUUGAUUUCAAUUUAAAUACAUGUAUCCAUGAAAAUAUGCAGGUGAUGGUCCUUCAUUUAUGAAAUAGCCCUUUCAUGUAUAAUAUAUUUAUGAAAGAGUCGGAGUUUCAUGUUCGAUCAGGGGAAACACCAAUAGCCGGAAUUGGCGACGUUGUUAAGAAAUAUUAGGAAUGAAGUUUGCUGCUGAAGAUUUCAAUUUCCUUUAACUGAUAGCUCUUUGCUGGUUAUGGUUAAUUUCAAGGUAAGGCAUAGUUCAUAUCUUAGUGAAUACUUUAACAUGAAUUUUCUGCCUCGUCAAACUAAUUUAUUUUAACAUACAUAUUAAAACCUUAGUCGGCUUUCUUUUUAUGGCAUGCUUCAACAAAGUAAUACUCUUUCCACCUCCUUGUGGUUGGAGUUGGUUUUCAGGACUUUAUAAUGCUAAUUACCUUCACAUAUCAUUUUUUCACCAAACAUAUUUAAAAUUCCAUCCUUAUAGCAAAAGAAAAACAAUAGUAUAUUUUAGAUGUAUGGUAAGAUUUGAUAAAGGAAUUGAAUGUAUUUUUUUCAUACAUACAGGCAAGGGACUGAACGUAUUUUGGCCUGAAAAAUCAAUCUCCAAAGAAGGCAGUGAACAAUGGUGAUCCAACACAUGAGCCAAACUCAAUUCCAACUAAUAACAGAUGUUGAAAAGAGUUAUAUAUAGCUUCUCCUAAGCCUCAGGAGGUUGUCCUUGAUUUUACAAUAUCUACUAAAUGGAAGGGGGUAGAGAAGUAUAUACCAUUGAUGUAACCAUCCACUAAGCAAUACACACAACCACAAAGGAUUUGAGGAGUUAAUGAAUAGUCCGGUGCAACAGUCGUGCGAAAAAAAGCAACAGAUGAAGUCUCAACAAACUUGAGUUCAUUAUCAUCAGCACACAUGAAUGAUCCUUAAGAAGGGACUUCAGCUUGAGGAUAUAUAAUAUUGAUUAACUUCGCAAAUUAGCUUCCACUGAAUAUAUUUAAGAACUCAUCCUUAUUUUAUUUCAAAUUCUUGUUUCUUAUCUGUUCAGUAAGUGAACUUGUUAUAAAUAUCCCUGUGUCUGGGAAGUUUGUUUAUAAUAAUUCGUGAUAAGAACUAGGAUUCGACAUAAAACAAAGUCAAUAGAAUUCUCGAUCUCUCAAACUCUGAAAUGCUUAUUAUUUUAAUGAUUCUAGCUAGAGCAAAGUGGUUGAUUUACUGCUUGCAGACGUUGCACAAAUGAAGGGUGGUUGUGCCUGAGUCGAACACAUCUGAUGUGAAAAUUGGAAAUAUUAGUGAAUAUACACUAUCAGCGUAAAAUUGUUUUGCAUUAACGUUCAGAUAGAGCUCAUUGUUUCCAUGUUUUGCCAAGCUAUGUUUUCAUCUCUACAAUGCAAUUGUAUAAUUCUUCUUUUCCGCCAUGCCUCCCUCGGCCUCAUCAUCGAACUUAGUUGAUUCUCCAAAUUAUUAAAAUCAAACCACCAGAGAAUGCCAAUAUAUUUAGCAAGGUUCCCUAAUUAUCCUGGUUAUGCACAAUUUAUCUGGCGCCAAUAUUUGUUUGUGCACUCUCCUUCUCUUUUUCUUUUUUAAACUGUGUGAUUACUUGUAAUAUUAGAUAGCUUGCGCAGCAAGUUACUCUGCCAUUCCAUAGAUCUUUACUGUGUACUAGCAUCAUAUGAUUCUAAUCCUAGAUAAUAGUUUGUUAGAGUUAGUUAGGAUCAUAUAGAGCUUUAUAUUAGCUUUGUUGUAACCAAUUUCAGAUCAAUUCAAUGAAAUCUAGAAUUUUCUCUAAUUUGUUAGAGUUACCUUUUCUCUUUUUCCUAAAAAAAAAUAAAAAUAUACAGCUUUAUAUAGCUUUCUUGUAACCAAUUUCAGAUCAAUUCAAUGAAUCUAGAAUUUUCUCUAAUUUUCUCUCUUUCUUCUUCAUUGAACUUCUGCAUUUUCUCUGAUUCCACCAUGGAUAUGGUGAAGUUUAAGAGAAUUAAUAGAAUAAAACCUAAAUAGGAUUAGAAGAAAACCUUUGUGUAAUCUAAAGACAAUAUACACAAAUAAUAAUAUUGUAGUUGUUGUGAAUACGGACUCAAAACUCACACCAAUACAAACUAUGAUGUGUGGAGCAAAGGAAAGUAGUAACCAAUAUCAAAGUGAACACAAGCAAUAAUCAACAAUAACAACACCUAGAUCUAAUCUAGGAAUCAAAGUGAAAAGCACAAAUUCACAAGCAAAAGAUAAAAGGAGAGAAGAGAGGAACAAACACACCAAAGAUUGUUGACCAGUUCGGUCCAACUUGACCUAAUCUGGGGGAGAGAUUGAUCUCUCCAAUCCACUAUCAAUGAGUAUUCUUACAAAGAAAUACAAAAGGGUUACAAGAAAUUAGCUUCAACAAGUUCACAAAGAACCCUAAUUUCUACCCUUUUUCCCAAUCUCACAAAUGAACAAGACACUCAAUGAUUUUCACUCACCAAGGUGUUUACAAUGUUUCGCAACCCAAGAGAACUCUAAUCAAAGACCCUCAACCCUAAAAUUACCUCCUCUGAUUUCCCAAGUUUCUCUCUCUUCAAGCUCUCCUUCAAAAUCUGCAAAGAACACUUAUAUAGCAGUUUUCAGCGUCAAAAUCGUGUCACGUUUUCCCAAAAUUGUGUCACGAUUGAUGCGUACGACCAACCUUAUCCUGAAAACUUGCCUAGCAAGUCGAAAAUCGUGUCACGUUUUCCCAAAAUUGUGUCACGAUUGGACACUCUGAAAACAUCUCUCGACAUUACCAAAAUCGUGACACGCUUGUCAAAUUGUGUCACGAUUUCUCUGUUUUCUAACUUUGCAAUUUGAAGACAUACACACCAGGAGUUGUGAACCUAAAGGAUACAAAUAGAAAAGGAAAAAAAAAAGAGCUGAAAUGGUUGAUAACAACACUUUGAAUAAUUUUGGCAAUGUUAAUGACAUGUCUUAGGGUAGUGGAACAACUAACUUGGAACAUAGUAUUGAUGCUAACACUAUUCAUGAUCACUAACUUAGUCAAUUAAAACAUCAACCAGAUUCUCACCAUGCUCCCUAGCAAUGUUGAAAUCUUUAAUGCCGUCCAUUCUCUUAACAAGGAUAAUACUCCUGGCCCUAAUGGAUUUGGAGCAUUUUCCUUUCAAACUUAUUGGAAAUUAUUAAACUGGAGGUUAUAAAUGUUGUUAUGCAAUUCCUCUCAAAUGGACGGCUUCUUCCUAAUUUUAAUCCAAAAACUAUUGUUUUGACCCCAAAGGUCCCUAAUGCUGAUAAUGUGAAUCAAUUUAGGUCUAGAGCGUUAGCCAACUUCAAGUUCAAAUUAAUUACAAAAAUCAAUGCUAGAAGAUUAACUUAGAUCAUGCCAUUAUAAAAAAUAUGUUUGAAUUACAAAGCUAUAGAUUUGUCAAUGUUUGAAAGGUCUUGGCCUAAUCUCCCUUUCUGUUUGUUUUCUUUCCUUUCUUUGAAAACAACGUAACUAUGUGAUACACUUAGAGCAUCACCAUUUACAAAAAAAAAAAAAAACAAUUGGCAUUUGCCAAAUAUUUUGAUACUUUAGACUGGCACUUUUCUAAUAAGGGUUUUCAAAGCUUUUGAUUUAAACUGUACUUUUUGCAAUUGGAUAAAUUGUAGUCUCAAAUCAACAAUGCUUUUUAUGUUGUGAAUGGCAAACAAGAAGUCUACUUUUCUUUUAAGAUACGAGAUAGACAGAGAGACCCCAUCUCCCAUUUACUUUUAUGUCGUAAUAAAGAAGUCAAUAGUGUAACAUCUCAUACUGUUUUUAGGAUUGACGAUUGACCCCACAAAUCAAUAUGAGUCUUUUUAGUAUAUUUUGUCCUUACUCGCACGCUUUUCGAGAAACUUUUCAGAAGGUCACCCAUCCCAAAAUUGCUCCAAGUUGAGCACGCUUAACUGUGGAGUUCUUAUGGUUUGACCUACCGAAAAGAAGAUGCAUCUUGUUUUUAUAGAUAGUACCAAACAAUUCAUAUAAGCCUCCCUUCAACAAUGAUGUUCCAUACUUGCACAACCUCAGGAUCCCCCUCAUUCCGAUGUGAUUUGGUUUUGCCUAUAAGCAUGCCAGGAGUCGGACCACUACCUGCCCUUGUCAGUCUCGGACGUUACAUGACCACCAAGCAGAGGCAUUACAUUCUCAACUGCUUCCGCUUGGUUCGUCCCCGAACCACAUCGUACUGGAGAGGUCUACUUUGAUACCACGUGUAACAUCUCAAACUGCUUUCAAGAUUGCCGAUUGACCCCACAAACCAACACGAGUCUUUUCAGCGUGUUUUGUCCUCGCUUGCACGCUUUUCGGAAAACUUUCAAGAAAGUCAUCCAUCUCAAAAUUGUUCCAAGUCAAGCACACUUAACCGUAGAGUUCUUAUUGUUUAGGCUAAAACAAUUUAUAUCUUGUUUUUAUAGGUAGUAUAAAACAAUUUAUAUAAAAACGACACACAUAAAAAAUAUUAAUUUUACUUCUUAUUGUAGUACAAUGGUAUUAUUUUAUAGUUAUAUUCUAGUUUUUCUUAUCUUCUAAAAUCCAACAAGACAUGGAGGCUAUUAAAACUAAUUAAAAUGUAAGAGUAAUAUAAAUUUUGAAGUGUUUCUCAUAUCUUCUAAAACCCAACAAGACAUCUAAAUUAUUUAUUAUGAUAUCAAAAUAAAAAUAAAGACUAUGAAGUAAGGUAAAAUUUAUUUAUCAACCUAACUAUUAAAGUUAUUCUUAUAAGGCUGAUAUGCCUAAAUUGUAUAACAUGAUGAUACCUCCAAAAUUAAUGGAGAAGAGGACAAUCAAAAUAAUAAUCUUUAUUAACUUAAAGUAAGUUUUUUUGGUACAAUAAAGCAAGCUUAUUACAGUAGAACACUAUAACUGCAAGUUUCAUCAAAUUAAAAAAAUAAAGGAAAAUGUUAACUUGUGCUCUUAAGACAUAAACUAAUGAAACAAAUAUAGAAAUAGUUUAUUGAAAUAUGUGCAUUACAUUUAAUUUUUAGUUUUUUAAUGAAUUGAAUGCACAAAAUUUUAUAAAAUAUUUCUUCUUUUAAAUUUCUUAACAUGAAAUCUAAGGACAUAACUUAACACUACCCAAAAAUAAAAUACUAAAAUUAUUGAAUGUCAUCCAUGGUCCGAAACUAAUAUAAUCAUAAGUGCGCUGCUACCAAUUCACAUUUGUGAUUAAUACAUCUACUUACUAAGUCCUUAGUAUUUUACCAUUUUGCCCCUUUGAGGGGCAUUUUAGUAAUUUUAUAUUGAUGGGGUGUGGUUAAUGCACCCUCAUCAUUUUAGGUGCAUUUCUCAUUUUGCUCUUCACCAUUUUUUUAAUUAUUUUAUAAUUUUUAUAUUUUUAAUAACUUUUACAAUUUUUAUUUUUUUAACUAUUAUUCAAUUUGUUCAUCCAAAUUCAGUUGCUUCUGAAUUGUCGUUGUGGGAGAGUAAGGUAUCGCUUGAUCCGGCAUUUUUCCAACUUCUCUACAUUUUUAAGGAGAAGUUAGAUCAAACACACUAUCAAUUAUUUUAAUUUCAAUAUUGUUUAAUCAUCACAACCUCACAAAUAAUUUUAUUCACACUGUCAUUUAAUGAUACCAAAUACUAUUAUUUCCUUUCUUCAACCUCGCAAAUAUUUACACACACAUUAAUGUUUAGAGUAAUAUUUUAUGUCCGUCUGUCUGUGUUUUUGUUAAGCUGAUGCAUAUAAUUUUUUUUAGUGUUGCUUGGUUGAGUGCUACUUCACCGAUUUGUUUUAACUAUUUUCCAAUUUUUAUAUUUUUAAAUACUUUUAACUAUUUUCCAAUUUUUCCUCCCAAAUUAAGUUGUUUCUACAUUGCCAUUGCGGGAGAUUAAGAUACCGUUUGACCCGGUUUUUUUUUUACUUCUCAACAUUUUUAAAAAGAAGUUAGGUCAAACACAAUAUCAAUUAAGUACUUACUAGAAAGGAAACAUUUUUUAAUGCAUAAAAUUGAAUGGAAUGAGCUUUGGCCAAAAGUUGUUAAAUGCUACUUUAAAAAACUACUUCUCGACAAUAUAUUUCACAAACACCCCUUUUCAACUCACGCUGGAAACCUUUUCUUUUAUUUUUUAAUAUUAUAUUUCAAUAUAUUUUCUUUUCAUUUAACUUUUUUUUUUUUUGAACAAUUCCAUUUAAUUUUAUUAUCUUUUUUUCAAAAGAUUUUUAUUAUCUUUUUAUCACUUAUAUAUUUAAUUUCAAUAUUGUUUAAUCAUCACAACCUCACAAAUAUUUUUAUUCACGCUGUCAUUUAAUGAUACCAAAUAUUUUUAUUUCCUUUCUUCAACCUCGCGAAUAUACACAUACACACAUUAACGUUUAAAGUAAUAUUAUAUGUCCGUCUGUCUGUUUUUUGUUACGCUAAUGCAUAUAAUUUUUUUUAGUAUUGCUUGGUUGAGUGCUACCUCACCGAUUUUUAUUAACUAUUUUCCAAUUUUCAUAUUUUUAAAAACUUCUGAUUAUUUUCCAAUUUUUUUAUUUUUAACUAUUUUCUAAUUUUUUUUCUCACAAAUUCAGUUGCUUCUACACUGCCGUUGUGGGAGAUUAAGAUAUCGUUUGACCCGUUUUUUUUUUCUCUUCAACUUCUCUACAUUUUUAAGAAGAAGUUAGGCCAAGUACAAUAUCAAUUAAGUACUUACUAAAAAAAUGUACUUUUUUUAAUGCAUAAAAUUGAAUGGAAUGAGCUUUGGCCAAAAGUUGUUGAAUGCUACUUCAAAAAACUAUUUGUCGACAAUUUAUUUCACAAUCAUCUCUCUUCAAUUCACGUUGGGAACCUUUUCUUUUAUUUUCAAAUAUUAUAUUUCAAUAUGUUUUUUUCUUCCAUUUAAUUUUUUUUUAGCCGUUCCAUUUAAUUUUUUAAAGGAGGUUCCAUUUAAUUUUAUUACCUUUUUUUCAAAGAAAUUUUAUUAUCUUUUUAUCACUUAUAUAUUUAAUUUAAAUAUCGUUUAAUUAUAACAACCUCACAAAUAUUUUUAUUUACGCUAUCAUUUAAUGAUACAGAAUAUUUUUAUUUUCUUUCUUCAACCUCGCAAAUAUACAGACACACACAUUAGCGUUUAGAGUAAUACUUUAUGUGUGUCUGUUUUUUUGUUACGCUAAUGCGUAUAAUUUUUAUAAAAUUUUGAUUUUAAUUAAAAGUAAAAUUGUAGAUGUCUUUUCUUCAAAAAAGGUAUAGAUGCCUAAAAAAAUUAUGCUUAUGUUAUAUAUAUAUAUAUAUAUGGGUUUGCUAGAACACACCCACUAAUUUUUAUGUGGGAGUGUUUUAGCAAGUUAUAACUAAAAAGUUAAUAAAUACACCUUAAGGUGUAUGUUGCUAUAACACACCUUCUAGAAAAAGCAAGUGGGUGUGUUCUAGCAAAUCCUAUAGGCAUUUGCUAGAAUACACCCACUUAUUUUUUAGAAGGAGUAUUUUAGCAAGUGAAUAACUAAAAAGUGGUUAAAUACACCUUAAGGUGUAGCUUUGCUAAAACACUCCCACAUAAAAACUAGUUGGUGUGUUCUAGCAAAUGCCCAAAUAUAUGUAACAAUUGGUCAGGUUCGAGGUUGCUCAUCAACCUACAUCAUCCGGUUGUUGAGAAGUUUAAGACUUAGUAAGUUUGCAUUAUGAUUUCACAAUACAGUGUUAGAGUAACUUAUUAUUUCACAAUCCGAUUUGAUUGAUUUUUGACCAUGUUUCUUGAAUUGUUGUCAUGACUUUAACACUUCUCAAGCUCAUAGUCAAACUUCAGUUAAAACUUAAGUCAGAGUUCGACUUCUUCUCAACGUACUUCAUACAACGAUUUUUCCAAACUGUCACAUGUUAGGCCAAUUGCUGAAUUUAUAAACUUAGUCAAUGUCUGCUUUUUUUAUGCACAAACAUGCUUUAAGUUUUUUUACGCACAAAUUAAAAAUACAUAUUGCAUUAUUCUUUAUUUCAUGUGCAUAAUUUGUGUUAGGAAACAUAUUGCAUCACUAUUUAGAAAACAACUAAAUUCAAUCAUAACCAGUUUGGAUUGUAUUAUGAGAGCUGCACCAAAUGUUCGAAGACAUCAAUGUCAGAUGGUGCUGGCUAUAUAUGCACAUGUGGAAGUGAUGCUUAAUUUCCAUUUGUUUCAACAAUGUUAAUUGGUCAACGGGGUGCAUAUAAUGUACAUGCAUGCAUUUAUCUAGAAUUUAUAGGAAGAUAAUAGGAUGAUAAAGUAGAAGUCAAGUUACAUUUUCUUUAGCUUAAAAUCAGUUAUGCUACCUUUAUUUUAUAAAUUAUAUGUAACUAUAUUCGCAUACAUCUUAUCCAUAUGCAUUAGACUAAUAUUGCAGUUAUUUUCCUGUUUAGCAUUUCCCAAACGAGGUGUCAAGAACAAUUCUGAAAGGAAAGCGCAAAACAAUCACUCUUAUUGAUGACCAGACACAGAGACAGUACAACUGUCAUCUCAUUACCGCCGAUAGAGCAAGCUAUGAAAAUUACUUGGGUGGUCAGUGGUUCAAUUUCUGCAGAUAACGAGUGAUGGAAGAAGGUGGUAAACUCAUCUUUGAUCUCGAAAAGUCACAGAAGAAAGUGCAAAUUCGAGUUGUUCCAAAGUAGAUAUUUGUUGUUGAACUAUUUUAACUUCUACUAUUUUGAUGUAUCGCUUUGGACUGAAGUCGUAAACUAUCUUGAUUUUGGGAUGUCAUUUGUUCUUUUCAUUUUGUCUGAUGUAAGUAUUGGCAAAAAUUCCUUUUUGGUUAGUCUAUGAAACUUGCAAUCUCUUUUAUAAACCUAACUAUUAUGUAACGUUAAUCUGUACAUUGUUGGUUCCUUCAUUGGUUCCAAUUAGUAUCAUAUUAAUUGUAAUGUUGUUUUUCUAAUCUCUUGAGAAAAAUAAAACAUGUUAUUUUCCUACAGUAAAUCUUUACAAUGCUUUGGUAAAUGUUUUAGAAAUGUGCAUAUAUAUAUAACUUCUAAUUAACACUGCAAUUUGUUUUGUACCUAGCACUUGUCAAAUGAGAUAUCAAUGACAUUUUUAAAAGGAACACAGAAAACAAUCACACUCAUCGACAAACAAGCUCAAAAAAGGUAUAAGUGUCGCUUGAUAACGGCAGAGAGAGCAAGUUACAAAAAAUACUUAGGCGACCAAUGGUUCAAAUUUUGCCGAGAACGUAUGUUAGAGGUAGGUGAUAAGUUAAUUUUUUUUAUCUAGAGAAGCCACCUAAAAAUAUGCACGUUCAAGUCGUUUCCAAAUAAAGAUUUGGUGUUCAUGAUCCACACUUUCAACAUAUCACCUUAACUUUAAUUCUAGACUAGAUUAUUUUCACUCACUGAUGCUACUUCUUUGCUUGAUUUCAUUUGAUGUAAAUAUGGGUAUUACAACAAAACUCUUUUUUUUUUUUUUUUUUUUUUUAUAAUUUUGGAUAAUAUGUAAAUUCACACAUCAUUGAUUCCUUUAUUGGUUCCAAUAGUUUUCAUCCUAAAUAUUAUGUCAAUUCCUAAUCUCAUAAACUGAUUAUAUGCUCUCUUAAUCAGUCCAUACAUAUUUUAUGAUGAAUCACGAUGUUCCUUCGUUUUAACAUCUCUUCUUUCAAAGAAUUUUUUUAUCAAAUAUGUUAUUGAACCCGUGCUUCUAACUAGUUUAUAAAUAUAAAACAAGUUCCCACUUUUUGGACAAUCAGCAUCAAUUUGACAUUUAUCACGUGCUGUAAUAAGAAAAGAAAAAAAGUCAAGAAAAUAAUGCUACUAUUAAAUGAUUGUGUACGAGCUACAAAGUAAAGAAAGAAAUUUGAAAAGAAUAAAAGGAAUGGCUUACCAACACCAAAUUUCGUUGCGAUGAGAAAUAAGGAAAUAAAUAGAAUCAUGACACAAACAAACUUAAGAAUUUGAACCAUAUUUUAUCUUGUUUGAGUGUAAAAAAUAGAAAAUGAUUUGGUCUAUUUAUAAUUUUCCUGCUCUCUAAAAUAAUGAAAUAUUUUUAGCACUUACAAAGUUGAAACCGUCGUUCAUAAUAUUAUGAUCAUUAUUAAAUAUUUAUUAAGUAUAUCAAUGUGUUGUGUUUGUUCUUUUAGCACACUUAAGGUGGGUCAAAUAACAAAAUUACUAAUCAUUAAAAUUCAUUCUUUAUAUCUAACUUUUAUUUACUUUUUUUAAAGUUAAAAGUUUUCUUUUAGACCAUCGUAAUAUUAUUAUUUUGGAAUAAUAUACAUAAUUGGAGAUGAGAAAUAAGUAGAGUGUAUUGUAGGAUCAACUUUUAUUGUUGAUAAAAUCGUUGAAUUAAAAAAAACACCUUUCCUUGAUUUAAAAAAUUGAUGUGUAUUUUAUAGAACUUUUUUUAUUCAAUAAUAUUUAAGGUUCAAAAACUCAACCUAAAAGUAGUGGUUUAGGGACAACCUAAAUGCAGAUGACAUUUAUCUAUAAGAACAAUUAAAAGUAAUAAAAUUUCAGCGUCUAAAAACAUCAUAUAUAUAUAUAUAUAUAUAUAUAUAUAUAUAUAUAUAUAUAUAUAUAUAUAUAUAUAUAUAUGAGUUUUGCUAGAAGAUAACUUUUAUCAGUGGCGGAACUAGGAAAAAAGUAUAGGGUGGGCUAUAAAUAGUGAUGGAGCUUAAUUUUCUUACAGGUACAUUUUAUCAUUGGUUAGUUUCAAUGACUACAAAUUUGUUAUUUGUUGAAUAUAAUUCAAACCGGUAUUUUAAAAUCCGAACCGUUUAUCAACCUUGAUAAACUACAAGAUAAUUGAUCGAACAACUAGGUCAUUAAACCUAACGACUGAAUUAAAUGACUCAACUUCAAUAAACAGAUGUAUAGGUAUUAAAUCGAAUUGAAUCAAACGACCGAGUAAAAAAAAAAACUCAUGACAUAUAUAUAUAUAUAUAUAUAUAUAUAUAUAUAUAUAUAUAUUAAUGUAAAAAAGAUCAUUACAUAAGAAAAUAUACUUAUAAUCAAGUACAAUAAUGAAAUCAUAUUGUACUUGCCUCAAUUAUUUUUAUGAUUUCUAACAAAUUCUAUUUUAUUUUAUUUAUGAUUUCUAAAAAUUAUUUUUAUUUUUUAGAAAAUAGGAAUGAAUCAUAUUUAAACUAAGAUCAAUAUGAUAUCUGAAGUAAGAAAUGAUGUUAGUGAUUGGCCCUUGCCUCAAGUCACUAACGUUGAUGAAUGGGUUCCUUUUGAAGGGCAACUAUUUGAAGAUAAUGAAUAUGUAAAUUCUUUAACAUUUCAAGAGCUACAACAUGAACCCUUGCCUCAAGUCAACAACAUUGAUGAGGGGGUUCCUUUUGAAGGGCAAGUAUUUGAAAGUGAUAAUGUUGCUUAUGAAUUUUAUUGUUUAUUUGCAAAACAAAAUGGAUUUUCUAUUAGGCGUGAUCACAUUUAUAAAUCUAGUAAAAAUGUGUCUGAAGAGAAUCCAUCUGGUGUUUAUAAGAGGGAAUUUAUUUGUCAUGGUGGUGGUAUUGUUAAACCACGCAAAACUGUUGAAGUGGAAAAUCAAAGGAAACGAAAAUCUUCAAGAUGUGAUUAUGGUGCAAAGAUGGUAGUUAAUAAGAGAACAAUUGGCUUUGAGAAAAAAUGGGUGGUUAAAUAUUUCAACAAUUCUCACAACCACGAGUUAUUGGAUAACAAAGAGGUUCGAUUUCUUCCUGCUUAUCGUAACAUUCCAAUUGUUGAUCAAGAUCACAUACUAUUAUUAUCUAAAGUUGGUUGCUCUGUAAGUAUUAUAAUGAGAGUGCUUGAGUUAGAGAAAAGAACGGGCACAGGAAAUUUACCAUUCUUAGAAAAAGAUAUUAGAAAUUUUAUUCAGUCAUAUAGUGGUAUUGGUAAAGAAAGUGAUGCUGCAGAUGUUCUCAGAUUGUGCAAAAGUUUGAAAGAUCGAGAGGAGGCCUUCCAAGUUGAAUUCACAAUUGAUGAAAGUAACAAAUUGGAGCAUAUUGUUUGGGCAUUUGGUGAUUCAAUUCGCGCAUACGAAGCUUUUGGAGAUGUUGUAGUUUUUGAUACCACAUAUAGAAUAAACCGUUAUGGGAUGCCUCUUGGAAUAUGGGUUGGUGUUGAUAAUCAUGGAAAUUCAAUUUUUUUUUGGUUGCGUUCUAUUGCAAAAUGAGAAGAUUUCUUCCUUCGAAUGGGCUAUAAAGGUAAAUUUCUAUUUACUCAAAGUUGUUAUCACUGUUAAAUUUUUAAAUUUGAAACUUUAUUAAAUUAAUUUAGAUUUAUGUUACAAUUUUCAGAGUUUCCUAGCUUUUGUGAAAGGAAAAUAUCCAAAAAUAAUUCUUACCGAUCAAGAUCUUUCAAUUAAAGAAGCCAUUGCAACGGAAUUGCCAAACACAAAACAUGCAUUUUGUAUAUGGCAUAUUGUCGCAAAGCUGUCAAGUUGGUUUUCUUUUCCACUAGGUUCGAGAUAUGAUGACUUUAAACAUGAGUUUCAUAAGGUAUAUCAUUUAGAAUGUGCAGAUGAUUUUGAACGAGAAUGGAAAAUAAUGGUCUCACAGUUUGGUUUGGGCGUGGAUAAGCAUAUUGACUUGCUCUUUUCCCAUCGUAAAUUUUGGGCCUGAGCUUAUUUGAAGGACUUUUUUUUUGCUGGAAUGACAACAACAGGACGCUCAGAAUCGAUAAAUUCAUAUAUAAAAAGAUUCUUAGAUGCUAACAACAGGACGCUCAGAAUCGAUAAAUUGUUAUAUUUUUGUGUAGGUUGGUGUUGCUGUCAAAAUUAGAAAUCAAGCUGGAGAAGAGGCACGAAUGCGUCAAAAGUAUCAUAAUCCUCAUAUUACAACACAUUUUCCUAUUGAAGAACAUGCCUCGUCUAUACUCACACCUUAUGCCUUUAAGUUGCUUCAAUAUGAGAUCGAAUUAUCCGCAAAGUAUGAAGCAAUUGAAGCUGACAAUGGCUCUUAUGUUGUGCAACAUCAUACCAAAGUUGAUGGUGGUCGUAUAGUAAGUUUGAUAACAGAAGAAGAGUCAAUUCAUUGUUCUUGUAAAGAGUUUCAAUUUUCAGGAAUACUAUGUAGACAUGCAAUUCGAGUGCUAAUGUUUAAAAAUUGUUUUGUUCUUCCAUCAAAAUAUCUUCCUUUUCGAUGGAGACGAGAAAGAUCAUUGAUCCCAAAAUCUAGUCAUGUGAUUAACUGCAAUGAUGUAUCCUCUGCCAAAUUUCAGUCUCUAAUUCGAUGUUUGGAAGUCGAAUCAUUAAAGACAAGUGAACGAGAACAGGUUGCUACAAGAGAGUUAGAAAAUAUCAUCAUAAAGAUAAAAAGGCAUGCCUGAAACUCAAGAACAUGUGAUUGAUUUGGAAGCGGAUGUUUCCAACAAUGACGACUACGACGUUGAAAAUCCUGUUGUUUCAAAAACAAAAGGUCGGCCAAAAGGAUCAAGACCAAAAGGAGGGGUUGAAGCUGCCAAGAAGCCUCGUCGUUGUCAUGUUCCAGAUUGUGGUGGAACUAAUCAUGACUCACGAAACUGUCCAAACAAAAAGAGAAAAAUGGAAGUAUUGCCUUCUCAAUCUCCUAAUAAGUAAGUUUUAAUUGGUGUGUCUUGUUCUACUCAUGACUAAUAUAUUAAAUUAAUGUUGACUGAAUUUUUAUGGUGCUUUGAUAGGAUCAUGAAGGGUUGGAAGUAGUCAUCUUGAAAUAGUGAAUUUGACAGAUGAAGCAGCCAAAUAGUUUAGAUCAAACCGUGUAAUUAGUGAAUUUUGUGGCUGCAAUCUGUAAGAUCAAACUAGCAGUAUAUUUUGUAGGAUUAUUAUGAUCAAAUUGUAUAAUUACUAGUAUAUUUUGUACCAGUAUAUAGCCUGUGUUUUGUUCCAGUUCGCCCAAUCUUUCUCUUCUUGAGAGGUCCUGUUUGGCUUAAUAUAUUAUUGCACAUUAUUAUGAUUAUGUGAAAUGUUGAUGUUAAUUAUUGAACAUCAAAUUGGUUAUUAAAAGUCAAAGAGUCUAAAAAAAAAAAAAGUAAAAGAUCAAACUAGCAAUAUAUUUCUGUGAAAUAUAUUAUUGCAUAUUAUUGCACCUCUUAAAAAAGAAGUAAAAGAUCCAAUGAAAAAAUGUGUUCUCUUUUUGACAAACACAUUGGUUGUAGGAAGAGAGAGAAAAUGAUGAUUUCUAGGUGAAUGGGAAAUGACUUUAAAGGACAUGUAUUAUAUCAUUAUUGAAGAACAAUCUAAAUUUCCUUUGAAUUAAUUUGAUUUACAUGAUUGUGAAUUAAUUUGUAUUAGGAGAAGUGAAUCAAUCUAAAUUUAAUCAUUUGUAUUAUAUCAUUACGGGGGAGUAACUAGUGGUUUAAUGACAAUCUAAAUUUCCUUUGAACAACCCCACAAACAACUUGAACCUUUUUUUUUUUUUUUUUUUGUCAAUUAACAACUUGAAAAUUUUAUUUCUUAAAAUACUCACAUUGAAAUAAUUAUUUUAUCCACGUUGGGUUUUGAUAAGGUAUAUAAUACAAUGAUAAGGUAAUUAUUUUAUUCAUAUUAAAUAAAAUAUUACCUCAAGAAAGAAAAAAAAGUUCAUGAUUGGUAAAUAUGUAUGUUUGGAUUGAUGAAAAUGCAAGUAGUAAAAUCUAAAGAUUCUCUACCCUAUGGUAUAAGUUACUCUAUAAGGCAAACUAUACUUCUCUCAAAAAAAUAAAAAAGGCAAACUAUACUAGCGAUAAAUUUACGUUAAAAUGACCCUCUUUUAAUUCAUCAUAUAUAGGAAAAUGAAUUGAAUUUUUUUUUCGCGGACAACGGUGGUAUUUUUGUUAGUUUGUUUUAAUUCAAGUUUAGUUUAGUGAUAAUCACAAUCAGUGGUUAAUCACAUUUUGUUUUAGUUUGUUAUGAAGUUUGUUACAAGUUUGUUAGAGGUUAGUAUAUAAGAUCUAGAGUUUGUUACAUUGCUUGUGCUUCAAGCAACUUAGCUAGAUAUUGUAUAUAAGCUACCUCCUUUGUACAUUUUCGUAUGUAGAAUCAAUAAAGAUCAAUUACAAUUUCAUCAUAAUUUUUCUUCUCUCUCAAUUCUCUCUCUAAUUCACAAAACCUUAGAAUAAGAAACUACUUCUGAAACUGCUUCUGAACUAGCUUCUGAACAAGCUUCCGCUUCUGGUUUUUCUGCGCUAUCAAAUUGGCAUCAAGAGCCUUUGGUUUCAUUCUAAGGGGUAAUCAAGAUCUUCAAUCACGCAAUUUGUAGGAAGAAACGCUGAAGGAAACACCAUGAAUGGUAGCAGCAGUUUCAACACACAUCUUCCAAUUCUUGAAGCACGCAAUUGGGAAAGAUGGAGUGCAGUGAUGAAGAAUCUGUUUGGAGCACAAGAUUUGCUUGAAAUUGUGCAGAAUAGUGUAGGUGAAUUAGCUGCGAAUGCCACUGAAGUGCAAAGGAACGCACACAAGGAAUUGAAGAAGAAAGAUUGCAAGGCUCUGUUCUUGAUUCAACAAAGUCUUGAUGAAGGAAACUUUGAAAGAAUCUCAAAAUCACUAAGUUCAAAGGAAGCAUGGGACAUUCUUUCAAAGUACCAUGAAGGUGAUGAUAAAGUGAAGUUGAUUAAGCUUCAAUCACUGAGAAGGAAAUUUGAGCUGAUGCAAAUGGAAGAUGAUCAGAAGAUUUCUGAGUACAUCUCUAAACUCAUCAAUCUUGUGAAUCAGAUGAAGGCUUGUAGUGAAGCAAUCACUGAUCAACAGAUAGUUGAAAAGAUUAUGAGGACCCUAUCUUCAAGGUUUGAUUUCAUUGUGGUGGCAAUUCAGGAAUCAAAAGAUGUUAAGACAUUGAAGAUUGAGGAGCCGCAGAGUUCAUUAGAAGCUCAUGAAUUGAUGGUUUCAGAAAGAAGCAAUGAAAGAUCAAUUCGACAAGCCCUGCAAGUUCAAACUAUCAAGAAGGAUGAUUAUGAUAGGAAGAACUUCAAGAAAGGGAAGAAAAACUCUAAGGGAAGAAACUGGUCUAAAGGCAAGAACAAUGGAUCUGAUAAAGGUGAAUCUUCAAAGGAAGGAAAUUCUAAUCAAAAGAAGAAAGUUGAUAAGAAGAAGAUUCAGUGUUUCAAAUGUGAGAAAUUUGGACACUAUGCCUCUGAAUGUUGGUCUGGUAAAGGAAAGCAAUCAAAUAAUGAUGAAGAGGAAGCCAAAAUUGCACAAGAUGAUUCAGAUUCUGAGUCAUUAUUCAUGAUGGUUACAACAAUUAGUAAUGAGAGCUGCAAUUCAGAAAGUUGGUUCUUAGAUACUGGUUAAUCUAAUCAUAUGACUGGAACCAAGACAUGGUUAAGAGAAGUGGAUUUUGGAAGAAACACAAAGGUGAAACUUGCAGAUCAUAGAGUAUUAGUUGCAGAAGGAAUGGGGAAUAUUGCUAUUGAAGGAAAGAAUGGGAAAGUGGCAAUAAUUGAAUAAGUUCUCUAUGUUCCUGGAAUGCAGUGCAAUUUGCUGAGUGUAGGUCAAUUCAUUCAGAAAGGAUACUCAGUUACUAUGAAGGACAACACCUUUAAGUUGUUUGAUAAUCAUCAAAGGUUAGUUUUGAAAACUCCUCUUGCAAAGAAUAUAACCUUUCAGACCAAUAUGAAAGCUGUAGAAUUGAACUGUUUAUCUGCUAUGGUAAAAGAUGAAGAUAGCUGGUUAUGGCACUAUAGAUUUGGUCAUCUCAAUUUUAGAGGUCUUAAUCAAUUGGUUGAUAAAGAAAUGAUUCUGGGAGUGCCUAAAAUUGAGAUACCUAACACAGUUUGUGAUACUUGCUUGUUGGGAAAGCAACCUAGAAGUGCAUUCAGUUCAAGUUCAGCAAGUAGAUCAAAGGAGCUGCUUAAUGUUGUAUAUUCAGAUGUGUGUGGUCCUUUAGAGGUUCCUUCAUUAGGAGGAAACAAAUAUUUCAUCAGUUUUGUUGAUGAGUUUAGCAGAAAACUCUGGUUAUAUUUGAUUAAGGCCAAAAGUGAAGCAUUUGAUAUGUUCUAGAAGUUUAAAAUCUUAGUUGAAAAACAAAGUGGUAAAUCCAUUAAGAUUUUAAGAACUGAUGGUGGUGGUGAGUAUACCUCAAAGGUGUUUGAGAAGUUUUGUGAAGACAAUGGCAUUGUGCAUGAAGUCACUGCUCCUUAUACUCCACAACACAAUGGUUUGGCUGAAAGAAGGAAUAGUAGCCUGCUUGACAUGACCAGAAGUAUGCUAAAGAUGAAGAAGAUGCCUAAUACAUUUUGGGGAGAAGCAGUAAGAACUGCAGCAUACAUCUUAAACAGAUGCCCCACUAAGAAACUUAAUCAAAUUCCUGAAGAAAUUUGGUUAGGAUGCAAGCAGUCAGCAAAACACUUGAGAAUUUUUGGUUCAUUGUGCUAUAUGCAUAUCCCUGAUGCAAAGAGAAGGAAGUUGGGGGACAAGAGUGAGCCUAUGAUACUGGUUGGCUAUCAUGAAACAGGUGCAUACAGAUUGUAUCAUCCUCUAAAUCACUCUAUAGUGAUUAGGCUACCUGACCCAAAAAAAAAUUCUACAAGCCACUUUUCUCACGUUGUUUUCGCUAUUUUCUUAUAUCUUGACCCUUACUUAUUGAUGUUGUUGAAACCAAGUUGGUCCACUAAUAACAAUAUCAUUUUAUGUUUUGAUGAUUAAAAAAAAUAUCUAAAUGGUUUUUCAAUUCGCAUUUAACUUAAUUUCUUAUUACUUUGAAAUCUUUCAACAAACUAUAUUCAUUUUAAAUUUUGCAAAUUUAUUUAUGUUAGUUCUAACAUUUAUCCCGCCAUUGCACGGGUCAUGAGCUAGUAAGUGUUAUUGGUACAUGGAGCCUUAAUCUUCUUGCACAAAUACCCACUUAAAAGUUUCAAUUGAAUGGGGUGGGGUAGCUCAACUGGUUUGAGUUAAGGGAAUUUUUUCUAGAGGUACUGAGUUUGACACGGACAAAGGAGAAAAGAGAAAAACUAAUUUCUAACAUACAUUAAAAAAAAAAAAAUAUCUUCUUAAAGCACCAACCCAAUUCAUAUUUUUUAUUUAUGUACUAAAAUGAUAGAUCAGUAUAUUUUUUAUUCAGUACAAAUUUGAAUAUCUGUUUAAACUGUACAUUUUUUAUUGGGUUAAAUAUGUUUUUGGUCCCUAUAAAAUUGGAAACUUCUAAGUUUAGUCCUUACUUAAUUUUAAUAACAUUUUUAGUCCCUACAAAAAUAAAAUUACAUGUAAUUUUAGUCCUUCUAAAAACUAAAUUUGUUUAAUUAUUCUUGAAUUCUUAAAUUUUUGAACGAUUUUUUGGAGACAUGUUUAGAACAUUAUAAAAUGUUCAUUUACUAAAAAAUAUAAUUUUUUAACAGGAGAAGAAUUAAAUAUGAAUUUUUUAAACGACAAAAAUUCAAGAAAAGAGUAGUAAAAAUCUGAACGUAGAAAUCAAAUUUUGAGUUAAUAUUUUGUAGAGGGACUUUCCGUAAUGUUCUUAAUAGGUGUACAAAAGAUUGUUUAAAAAUUCAAGAAUUUAAGCAUAAUUAAACAAAUUUGGAUUAAGAAUGGACUAAAACUAAAUGCAAAAUGAUUUUUUAGGGAUUAAAAAAGCUAUUAAAAUUAAGUAAGGAUUAAAUUUAAAAGGCUCCAAUUUUAUAAGGAUAUAAAACAUAUUUAACCCUUUUUAUUUGAUGUCAAAAGGAAAAGUUCAAUCAAUAAAUUUGUUUUUGUUGUAAAAUUUUGGAUAGUCGGGCAUGAGUGAUAUGCAAAACUAAAACAAAAAAAAAUACAACAAAUGUUACAUGAAGGAUUUUGAUUGAUGAAACAAAACUACCUUGACAAAAAAAAAAGAAUUAAAAGAAAGAAAUUGAAUAAGUUAUUAAGAUUAAUAAAAUUUUCUUGAAACAUCACCGAAGGGUUGUCUUUGAAUAAAGAUUUUAGGAAAUUGUAUAUUUUUGUAUAUAGAAGUUAUAGUUUUUAAAUGAUUGUAUAUUUACUAGAUAAAUGCUUCCUUAUCUCCAAUCCCCAUUACAACUCUGACUAAGUCUUAGGCUUUGUUUGGAUUGAUGGCAUGUGGUGGAAUGGAAUGGGAUGGAGUGGUAUAUAAUAGAGUUCCAUUGUUUGGAUAUUUAAAAAAUGAGUGGAAUGGAGUGGUAUAUGAUGGAAUCCAUUCCAUCCCAUUCCAUCAUCUUCCUUUAUUUUCAUUCCUCCCAAUUUGGGGUGUAUAGAAUGGAAUGAGGUCUAUUAAUUUGACAAUUACCUUUUUAACCUAGUUUUUUUUUUUAUUUCCAAUUGGUAGCCACGAAUUUCCGAUUGAACCCAGUUUUUUAUUUAAUUACACACGUUACCUCUAUACCCAACAACAUCAAACUCUACAACACUGUUCUACAUAGCACUAGACAGUCCAAUACAUCAAAAUCCUUUCUACAAAGCCAAACUACUCAUGAAAAUCAAUGAAAGUUCAUUAUAAUUAAAUAAAAAAAAUGUAAAAAAUGCAACGAAUGGAGAUGGUGGGGGUAACGUGAUGGACAAAUUUUUCAAACAAAAUUAAAACUUUUUUGCUACUAUUAUUUUUGUUACUAUUUUAUUAUAACUAUACAAUUCUAUAUAUGAUAGUAUUUUUAAAUAAGGGUAAAAAUGAAAUAAACAAGUUUGUUCCGUUCCGUCGUAAAAUGAGUUCUAUAAAAUACCCAAACAAUGGAAUGGAAACUCUAUCCCGCUCCGUUCCAUUCCAUCCCGCUCCAUUCCAUUCGUUUUAAAAUAUCCAAACAUAGCCUAGUGUUCCAUGCCUGAUAGUAGCUGGUUAUAUGUAAAUUCUAUUUUCUUAUAUUGAUAUUUCAAUUCCGUUCUUAAUUUUUUUUUUUUUUUUUUUUUUUUUUUUUUUUUUUUAUGCGAAAUACAAAAAUGAUAUUUGACUUAGAAAGUUGUAGACAUAGGCUUUCUCCGUAAGAGAGAGAUAUGGGUAGGAGCAUUUGUAGAUGUUAGUUACCAGGUAUUAGUCUCUGUUUGCAAUCAUACACAUUGUAUGAUCUUAAUGUCGUUACUAAAAAUAAUGAAUCUCAUAUCGUUUGUCAGAUAUGGAAACAUGCGAUCAAUGAAGUAAAUUAAACGAUUAAUUAAUGAAUCCCAACAAUAUUAUCUCUUUGUUCUUGUUUCAUUUUUUUUUAAGAAGUUAAACUAACCCCUUUCAAUUGACACCAGAGAUAAUUGAACCUGAGACCUUAAGAAGGAGCACUCUCAGGUUACAAGUCAAUACGACUAGGCCAACCUAAGUGGGUUUUUCUUAUUUCAUUAUUUAAUUGCAAAGACAAAUAUAUGUACAAAUAAUCCAUCGUUAUGUACUAAAAACAAUAUUCGUAUUUCAAAAAUAUUGCACGAAUUCCUAUGGAUACGGUAACCAUAAAUAUUUAUUUUGGGAAAUGAUAGGUGCAGUGACAAAAUUUAUCAAAAAAAUUUUAAGACAGUGUAUUUGCUAACACCUUUUCUUAAUUACACAACAUUACCUCCCUUAAUUUUCGUCAAAUAACAAAUUUAAUUGAUUGAGACAUUUUCUUAAUAUAUUUUUGAUAAAAACUCUAGAUAAAUAGAAAUGCUCAUUUAUUUUUUUAUACAGCUAUAAAAGCAGCUGAUCACUAAGUAACUAUUUUUUUUAUCUCAAUCUGUUUGCAAUAUUUCAAAAAUUAUUAGAUAAUUUUAUAAAUUAUUACCCCAAAAAUAAAAUUACCAUGUGUGUCACAUGGGAUAAAGAUCUAGUUUACCCUAAAUUUAAAGUAGUUGGAUUAAACCUUCAAAAAAUUGUAUUAAAGUGUUUGCAACUACUUUUAUAUCGACUAAAAUCCUACAAAUAUAAAUUAAAGUGUUUGCAAAUUGAAUUGUUUUUCAUAUCUUUUAAAGCUCAACAAGACAUCUAAUGUAUUUAUUUUGACAUGCAUAAAUUAAAAAGGCUUUGAAGUAAGGUAAAAUUUAUUGAUAUACCUAACUAUUCUAUUAAAGUUAUUUUUAAAAGGUGUGAUACCUCCAAAAUUAUGAGAGAAGAGGACAAUGAAAAAAAAAAAUCUUUACUACCUUAAAACUAUCUUAGAGUAACACACCAUAACUACAAGGUUCAUGAGAUUAGAGAAAUUAAAUUAAAUUAUAUCAUAGAGUGCCAACAUAAUAACCAAACGACAACUCAUGAAAUAUUCUAUCAUAUUUUAAGUUGUUUUCUUUGACAUUAUAACCCAUUCUCCUUUGUAGUAUGUUUUUGCACUCUCCAUGGUUUGAAACUCAUAGAAUCAUGCAUGUGCUUCUACCAAUUCACAUCUUUUAUCAAUGCACUUAAAAACAUAUAACAAGUCCCUAUACUUUGGACAAUAAUCAUCGGUUUCACAUUCUUCAUAAACUAUAAUGAAAAAACGAUAAUAAAAUAAUGUUACUAAAUAUGUUAAAAGAUUGUGCACAAACUAUAAAGUAAAGAAGGAAAUUUUGAAAAGAAUGAAAAAAAUGACUUACUGUCACUCAGUUGUGUUCUGAUGAGAAAUACUAUGGAAAUGAAUAGAAUCAUAGCAUAAACAAACUUUAGAAGUUGAAUCAUAUUUUUUCUUGUUUGCAUGUAAAAAAUUCGAAUAUGAUUUGUUCUAUUUAUAAUGUUCAUGCUCUCUUAAAAAUGAUUUUUAUAGUUUUGGCACUUAUGAAGUUGUAAAAACCCUUCAUAAAAUUAUAAUCAUCAUUAAUUAUCUCUUAAAUAUAUCAAAGUGUUGUAAACAUAAAGAGGUCAAAUGAAAAACUUACUAAUAAUAAAGAUUUAUUCCUUUUGACUAUAAUAUUCAUAUGUAAUUGAGCUUAAGUGGUUAAUGAACUUCACCAAAGAACGAAUCGUUCCGGAGAACCCGAGUUUGUUUCUGAUUUUAUCCAAAUGCAUUUUGGUAUUAUGCCUACCCAACUUGAAAUAGAUUGACGGAAACCAUUGAUGAUGAGGCAUUCUCUAGAUGGAUUUCAUAGUUCUCACCUUGAGAACAAAUUGUAUAGUCAGAGGUCUUUUUGACUUUGGAAUAAGUUCAAAUAGAACUCCUUCACAACUCCCUACAUUUUAAGCUAUAACUAUAAUAAGUCAUUACGAAUCAUGUGUCUUCAUUGUGUUAUGAUAAUGUGAGGAUGGGAGAAUAUUUGUAGAGUUUUAAUUAUGAUAAAUAAUACUGGAAUGAGGAUAUUAUUUCAGUUUUUCAUCAACUUUUUGUGAUGGAAUAUAGGAUAUGCAUUAAUUGCACUAUGACUGCUACACUCAAGCUAUUCGUAUUUCUACCUAUUUAACAUUUGGCUUGAAGUUGAUUAUUUAAAUGAAAAAUGAGUGAAUUUAAUAUCGAAUAUACUGUCACAAUAUAUUCUAUUUUUACUUUCAUUGAUUAGAACUCAACUAUUAUCAAAUGAAAUCAGUGCAGAUAAUUAGACAUUCAAGAUUUUGAGCUGGGAGAUUAGAAUGCAUUGAAGGAAUUGUUUGCCAAACACAUUGGGAAACUUUGAUGAAGGAGCUUGCUUUCACAUAACUCAGGAGAAAAAGACCUGUUCAAACACAGAUUAUCCUUGCAAGUACAAAAAAAAAAAAUGAAAACAAUUGUGUAGAACUAAUGUUAAUGAACCAUUUUUUUUGGACAAACAGAAAAUGUUGAUUCUUAUGUUAAUGAUAGGAUUAGAACCAUGUAAAGAGGAUGCAAGUAUUGGUGGCUCUUCAUUGCUGCUGGUUCCUCUAGUCCCUCAUUUGGCUUUGGGGACCUAUAGAAUAGAGACAAAGAUGAUGCAAGAAAUUGUAUGUAUAUAAAUUUUGAACUUAUCAAAAGGAGAAGGAACAACAACUCAUGAAGGAAAAACAAUCAAAAUUUCUCUUACCAAGCAGAAUAUGAUGUAUUUAGCACCUGAAGAUAGUGUGAAGGAUUCAGCAAUGUGGCAAAUGAAACUGUCGUUCAGCUUUUUUGUCUCUCUUUUUUACUUUAUUUUCUCUUUUUUUACUUUCUCCAACCUUUCUCUCAUGCUGACAGUGGCUUUUGUGGGAUCUUUUACUUUAUUUUCUCUGUUUUUUUUUUUUAAAAACUUUUUUUUAACAUUUCUACCAUUUUCAACUUUACAUGUAAAUAUUACUCCAGCUGCAACUAUUGUUGUUGUCUUUUAGUGCAAUAUAAGAAAUAAGAAAUAUGCCAGUGUCGGCAUGAAAAAAGGAAAAGAUUCCACAAAGUGCAGAGCAUUCAAUUUGCCCCUCUUUCAUUUUCUGAAUAAUCAAUAACCAAUGAAACUUUUUUAUACAUCUUCCUAUAAAAUUUAUUUCAAAGAUAACACAAAAAAUUAUGUUGUAAACUACUAUGUUUUAGUUUUGUUAAUAAGUAUGAUUUUUUUUUUGCUUAUAAUAUGGGACGGAGGGAGUACAUACCUACACCGCUUUGUUAUUCUCACUAUAUGCUUCUCAAUUCAUUCGUCGCCAUCUUCGAUCCAUUAUUGAAAGGAGAAUUAAUACAACUAAUAUUUUUAAUCUAUUAUUGAUGAUCCCAAAUCAUUCGAAUCACAUUGAGUAUUAUUUUAAUUUUUUAACAUGUGUAGUUUAAUUUUUUUAUGAUUAAUUUUGUGCUUAAUGUUUAUUAGUACAAUAUAAUUUUUUUGACCCAUCCGAGAUUUUCUUUCUGAUUCCGCCACUAUUUAUACCCAAGUAAGUGUAUGGUAGAAUCAAUUUAUGUUGUUGAUAAAAUCAUUGGAAAAAAAAUGUGACUGUGUAUUUAAUUUUGUAAUUGCAUGAUUUAUUUUACAUUAUCAUUCAAAUCAAUUAUAUAAUUCAUAUCGAUUUAAAAAAUAAUUUGGUAUUGAAUGUAAACUGCUUUUAAAAAUUAUUCGUAUAUCUAAUAAUUAAUUGAAAUAUGUUCUUAGGGCAGCUUUGUAUGUACACCUUUUUGUACCACUCUGUAAAAUUUCAGUUAAUCAAAUAUAUGGUCUCCGUGACUACGUUUAUUUAGUUGCGUGAUCACUAUUUAUUUGGUUAACUAAGUGGAAAAAUAGUGGUCACGCGCAUUUUAGUUGUGCGACCACAUUUUUUCAGCUUUUAAAUGCUGGAAAAAUAAUGGUCAUUGGUCACGCUGAAAUUUUUCAAAGUGAUAUAAAGAAGUGUACACAUUAAGGGUGUCUACCUACCUAUCUUUAUUCUUCCUCCUGUUUUAUUUUUCGACGUGCCUCUCCUUUGUCCAUUUUAUCGUGUUCCAUCGUGGUAUGCCUUUUUCUUGCGUGAAGAGCACAUCUUAAUAUCUAUAUACUUGAAGGAUCCGAUUGAUUUUUCAUGGCUCCUUUACCACCAGCUCAUGUUGUUGAUAUCAUUGUCAGCAGAGAAGAGGUAGUGCUAUUUCAUGUAGUUAGUUCUUCAAUUCAGCGACAACUUACUGUUGAUGUUAAUGACAGGUGGCGGUGGAAUUUGCACUCUUCAAAUAAUUACAUUGUUUGUAUUGCUUAUAAUUUCAUUCAACAAUCACCAAAUCAACAUAUCCUUGCAGAUGACAACCAUGUAUUUUGGCAUAAAGUUGUUUCUCUGAAAGUCAAUCUUUUUGUGUGCGUCUUCUUCUCAACCGCCUUCCAACAAAUGACAAUUUAUUUAUGAGAGGAGUGAUUCCGGCUACUUAUGGGAGGGUGUGGUAAUUUAGAGGAUAAACAAGAGAAUUGUUGUUUACACAUUUCAUAAGGCUGUGCCACACGAGUCAUUUACGUAAAUGCCCUUCAGCAGUUAACUGCCGAAGUUUUUAGUAAACCGGCGGCAGUUAACUACCGAGGAUUUCCUCGGCAGUUAACUACCGAUGCGAACUGAACAUAACAGAAGCAGAAACUCAAUUUUCUGAGUAUUGAUUCAUUGUUCAAAAAUUCUCCAAACCAUCCAACUUCUCCAAUUUCGAUUUGUCAGCAAAAUCAAAUGCAUCAUCUCCAUUUAAUCACAAGUAAGUAUCUUGACUCAUUUUUAAUCAUAAUGUUAAUUUGGGUAGGUUUUUUUUAUAAAAAAAAUGGUAGUUUUUAUGUGGUUAGGGUUGAUGUAGGAAUUGAAUUUUUUAUGAGUGCAUGUAGUUUAUAAUUGAAUGUAGUUGCUUUAAUUGAUGAUUGAAUGAUGUUAGGGUAUAAUGUGGUUUUCAAUGGUGGCAAAAGAACACAUUUUUAGUAUGUUUGAUAUUUUGCACACAAAGUGUUUGAUAAAAUGUGUCAAUGACAAUUUUAUUGAUUAUUUAGUUAGUUUAGGUAUUGGAUAUGAUUUUGAUUGUAAUUCGAAAAAGUGUAUAUUGAAUUAGGUUGAAUGUGUAUAUUGAAUUAUGUUUAGUUUAGGUUGAAUGUGUAUGACAAUGCAUUUGAUUAUUUACGUUUGAAUGUUAAUGAUAAUGUGUAUGAUAAUGUUUAGGUUCAAUCAAUGUCUUUAUUUUGGUAAAGUGGUUUAAUGUGAAAGUGGUUAUGUUUAGGUUGAAUGUGAAAGUUUAGGUUUUGUUUAGGUUUAGUGUUUUUGAUAAAGUGGUUGAAUGAUAUUAAUUUUAUUAUUUUUUUUGUAGAUAUGGCCGAUCAGGACCCCAUUGAUCCAUCGAAGAUGAUUGGUGGUAGGCGUGCGAUGACUCAGAGCCACCGCAGGAAGAGGCAGAGCAGCCACUUCCCAAAGAGGGGUAGAGGUCGGAGGGGAGAUGGCUCAGGAAGCUCUCAGGCUACACAGCCUGAGGAGUCACAGGUUGUUGACCCGUCACAGCCUGUUGACCAGACUGGGGUGGAGUACCUGAACUAUCAGGAUCAGGUACAGCAUGAUGUGACGGAUGGUGGAUAUGACCAGGAUCAUAUACCACAGCAGCAGGAUGCAGGAGACGAGGAUGACAUUGCAGCAGCUGCUGCACCGGAGGUGUUACCUAUGGAGCCUCCAUUUCCUGGUGGACCGGCUGACUUGUCAUUGCUCCACUCUUAUGCCGAUCAUGUGGCGUUGCCACUCUGGUAUAAUUCAAAUAAUGUAACUGUAUUUUUUUUAAAUAUUUUUUCUUUAUGUUAAAAUAUUUUCUUUAAUUUAAAUGUGUAUUUGUUUAAUUAUUAUAUCCAGUUUUAUAUGUGUUUUUUUUAAUUAUAUUUUGUAUGUUUAAUUGUUUUCUUUAAAUGUGUGUUUGUUUAAUUAUUAUAUCCACUUUUAUAUGUGUAUUUUUUAAUUCUAUUUUGUAUGUUUAAUUCUUUUCUUUAAAUGUGUGUUUGUUUAAUUAUUAUAUACAUUGUUUUAUGUUUAUUUUUUUAAUUCUAUUUUUUAUGUUUAAUUGUUCUCUUUAUAUGUGUUUUUGUUUAAACCAUAUUUAUUUUUCUAUUAUUUCAGGUUCGUAAGCUCCACGUGCUUAAACCGAUUAAUCAUGGGGCCAAGAUUCUCACUCUCGGACGCCCUAACGGGAAUGAGAAUUGGUUUUGGGAUCCGCUUAAGCAGAGCGGGCUACAUGAUUUGGUUUACUUGGGGUACUCCACCGUGCCUCAUCCGGAGACCAGCACCUUUCACAUGCCCAUGGGGGAGAUGACUGUGACAUUGGAUGAUGUCGCAUGUCUCACGCAUCUUCCUAUUGAGGGGCGGAUGUUGGAUCAUGGGAAGAAGAUGCCCAAGCAUGAGGGAGCGGCACUGCUGAUGAGGUAUCUGGGUGUGUCCCAGCAUGAGGCUGAAAAGAUCUGCAACCAGGAGUACGGUGGGUACAUUAGCUACCCGAGGCUGAGGGACUUCUAUACCACGUACCUUGGUAAGGCCAACUUAUUGGCGGGUACGGAGGAUCCUGAGGAGCUUGAGGAGCUGGCGAGGGUUAGGACAUACUGCGUCCGGUGUUACCUUCUGUACUUGGUCGGAUGCUUGUUGUUUGGCGAUAGAAGCAACAAGCGCAUCGAGCUGAUAUAUUUGACGACCAUGGAGGACGGCUACGCAGGGAUGCAUAAUUAUUCCUGGGGAGGUAUGACCCUCGCCUACCUAUACGGCGAGUUGGCUGAUGCAUGUAGGCCUGGACACAGAGCUCUUGGGGGGAGCGUGACACUGCUCACUGUAAGAAAACUUAAAUUUUAUAUUUAUGUUAACUUUAUUUUUUUGUUAACUUUUAUUUUUUUGUUAUAUUUUUCCGUGCGUAAUGAUUUAUAAAUGUUAUUUGUUUGGUUUGUGCAAGCAUGGUUUUUGGUGCAUUUUCCAGGGUUUUACAGUGUUGAUCCCAACACUGACUACGUGGAAAACUAUCCAGUUGCAGCGAGGUGGAAGCUCCAGAAGGGUCAUGGGGGGAGAUCACGUAUCGGUCACUGCUUGAUCGUAUACAAUUAGAUGAUGUAUGUUGGAGGCCGUACGAGGAGCACAGAGAGAUCCAGGACUUCGAGGAGGUUUUCUGGUAUUAUGGGUGGAUUAUGUGUGGUGUCCGUAGGGUGUACCGUCACUUGCCCGAGAGGGUUUUGAGGCAGUACGGAUACGUGCAGACCAUCCCCAGACAUCCGACUGCUGUUAGGGACCUCCCACCGUCUUCCAUUAUGCAGGUGUUCGUUGACUUCCGCACUCACACGAUUAAGGCGGACGAUCGGGGUGAGCAGGCAGGAGAGGAUACAUGGCGGGUGGCGGAUGGCUAUGUCAUAUGGUACACUAGGGUGUCUCACCCUCAGAUCUUGCCACCUAUUCCAGGAGAUCUUCCGAGGCCUGCAAAUAAAGAGCAGAUCAUUGCAGACCAGUGGGAGCGGUAUGAGGCGAGAAGCUCGCCUGACACCUAUGACAUGGUUAGUGGCGCUGUUGCCUAUGCUGAUGCGCAGUUAGGCCAGGAGGAGGUCAUGAGCAUGACCCCUCAGCAGUGGUUUGAGGCCAUGACCCAUAUGAGGGAGCAGAUCGCGCCGAUUUUGACCAGGAGGAGAGCCCAGAGGCCGAGGAGGAGGCACUAUCUGCAGGAUCAGGACCAGUAGUACUAUUUUCCUUUUUUAGGACUUAGUUUUUAGUUUUAGUCUUUUGAUGACAUUGAGUUAUGUAUAUUUGUAUAUUUGUAUAUUUAUAUUUUUAUGACAUUAUUUUUAAUUUCAUGGGCUCGUUUUACUUUGUUUAAUGUACAAAAAUGUUGGUUUAAUUAAAUUGUGCAUUUGCACCAAUAUUUUUUUGUUAUUUGAACCGUUAUGAUGAAUUUUAACCGUUUGUGUAAAAAUCCGGCUUUCAAAAUAAUUUAGAAUGAUAUUGAAAUGCUUUUUAGAAUUAUGAAGAUUUCCUCGGCAUGAAAAUUAAAGUUUGUUCUUGUAACUUCAUGUAUUGAUAAUAAGCAAUUUUCAAUGAGACGUGAUCGUUACCUUUUUUCUAGAGUGUAGUAGUAGUAUUUUAUUACUAAUGACAAAGUUUUAGUUGUCUAGUCAAACCUGAACACUACUAUAUAAUAUAAGUGUGCCGUUGAUUUGCCUCCAAUUCGUGAAAGAAGAUUUGGCGAAGAUUGGAGAGAAAUUGAGAAUUUUGUAAAGUUUUGGAUGUUCAGUUUUCCUCGGCAGUUAACUAUCGAGGUUUUCUUCGGCAGUUAACUGCCGAAAUUUUGAAAAAUCCGGCUGCAGUUAACUGCCGAGGGAAACCUCGGGAGUUAACUGCCGAGGAUCUUAUGCGCUACAAAAUCUGGCAGAAUCUCCUCUCAUCCAUUAUUGAUCUUAUCUUCCAAAUAAUUUCUUCAAAUUUCUCUCAAAAUCUCUCUAAAAAACACAACCAAAUCCAACCAACUUUAUUCAACAAAAUCACAAGUAAGUAAUUAUAAUGCUAUUAACUUACAUUUUAGUUGUUAUAAAUGUUAUUAUUUUUUAGUUUUUGAGUACAUUUAUUAUUUUUUAGUAGAUUUACAUGUUAUAAUUAAUUUUUAGGGUAUAUGUUAGUUGAUUAAUGUUGUUAAAAUAUUUGCAUGAUGUUUAUGUUAUAUGAUUAAUUUUUUUAUUUUAGUAAGAGUAUAUGAUUUAUAAUUUUAGGAUUAUUUUUAUGAAUUUUAGAGUCUAUGUAUAAUGUGCACAUCAAGUGUUCGAUGAAAUGUUUGAAUGAGUUUUUGAUUGAUUGUUUUUAGUUUCUUAUUGUGUAGAUUUAAAACAAUGGCCAGGUGGAUCGACGUUCAUGCGCAAUUCAACGGCGGAGAACCUCAGAGGUUGAAGGUUCGGUGCCUUGGUGUAACGUUAAGAGGUCUCAAGGAUAAACUGACUGAAUUCAACCAAGGAGUCAACCCCAAAGAUACAAGGAUGGUGGAACACGUUUGGUAUAAACGUCCAACGCUCGACGAGGGGAGAGUAUCAUUCACUUGGGUGGAAUUAACGAAUGACGAAAACGUGACGACCAUGUUUUGGGAGCACAGCAUGUUCCAGUGGAUCGAUAUGCGGGUGAAGUUGGUUAGAUCAACUGAAGAUAUCAUCAAAAGUUUGAUUCCGCCGGAAGAUCGUCAUUAGUUAGGGUAAGGUGCAUUCCAACUACAACAAUUGUCUUCCUUUGAAUGAGAUCAAUUCAAACCUGCCAAACAACAGGACUCGAGCAUUUCGCUCGGCAUUCAUUUUUUUCCUUUGAAAAGAUUAAAUUCUUGUUAGGCUGAUUUAGAUGAAGGUAUUAAGUGUCAAGGAAUGAACCUCAUUUCGUUGGCACUUGAAUACCAUCAUCUAAAGCACGCCUAACAAAAAUUUAUUCUUUUCAAAGGAAAACAUGAAUGCCGGGUGAAAUGCUUGAGUCCUGUUGUUUUGCAGGUUUGAAUUUAUCCCAUUCAAAGGUAACAUAAUUGUUGGAGUUGGAAUGCACAUUCCAACUGCAACAAUUGUCUUACCCUGGAUGGGGCAAUUCAAACUUGCUAAUCGGCAGGACUCCAGUAUUCGAUGAGCAUCUUGAACAAUGGUAUUCAAGUGUCAAGGAAUGCACCUCAUUCUGUUGACACUUGAAUACCAGCGUUCAAGAUGCUAAUCGAAUACUGGUGUCAUGCUGCUUGGCAAGUUUGAAUUUGCCCCAUUCAGUGGUAAGAUGAUUGUUGCAGUUGGAAGGUAAAUUUCGGAAUGUAAUGUAAUAUGUAAUACAAUGUAAUGUGAUAACAUAUAUUUUGUUUUGAAUGGAACAAUAAUUAUCUUAUUUUGUUUUCAAAUUUAUUUAUUCCAAAUGCAAUUUUAUUAUAAGCACCAUAAUGUCAAACAAAAUGUGCGCGACACAAAAAUUAAACAUAAAAAAAUCCAAAACAAUUAGGCAUUAAAAGUCAUUACAUUUAUUCUUCCUCGUCACACAAAUCAAUUGGCUUGUCCGCUACAGUCCCUGCAGUACCUUGUUUUGGUCGAGGACCGAAAUAACAUGUCCUCUCGCUCCUCCUCAACCUCGAGUGAUUGUACACUGGCACCUUCGAACCCUUCUUUUUUUCAGAACCAUUGCAAACAAUUCCAUGCCACGUCAUAGGUGAUUUUUCUUUUUUCUUCUCAUCAUCGUGAACGUUACCCUGAUUCUGAUUCUGAGAUAUAUCUACAUUAAAAAAAAAAAUGGCGAUCAAUUCAACCUAUACUAACCUAAACUAUCCUAACAAUUCUAACCAUUCUAACCUAAACUAUCCUAACAUAUCAUAAAAUCAACAAAUCAAUAUAAUCGAAAUUUAACAAAAAAUAACAUACAAUUCGACCACAAAGCAACAAUACAAUAGAAUUCAAAAAACUUACUUGUUUUUGUUAUUAAAAUUGGCUUGUAAUGGCUUCAAAUGACUCAAAAUCGCACCUUGGAUAAUUAAAACGCAAACUUGGAGUUUUGGAAACUCCUAUGCAGUUCUGUUCUUAUAACAUUUUCCUCGGUAGUUAAAUGUCGAGGUUUUCCUCGGCAGUUAACUGCCGCCGACUUCCUAAAAACUUCGGCAGUUAACUGCCGAGGAGCAUUUGCGUAAUUUACUUGUGUGGCAUAGCCAAACUAAAUGUGAGAAAAGCAAUUCUCGAUAAACAAUGCCUAUGUUGUCAAAAAUAUCGGAUUAAAGCAAUGAGAGAAUACCAAAUCAGCUCAACCAUGCAAAAUCAACUCAUUUUGGACUUGAAAUACACAACAUGACAUUACAAUUCAAGAAUAAAAAAAAAGAAGUCUUUGCUUUGGUAGAGUAACAACAACAAACUAUUAAAACUUCAAACAAAGAAAAUAAAUAUUGUAAAAGAAAUAAAUGAGGAUAAUCAGAUAGUUUUUUUUUUUUUGGUUACGGAUAAUCAUAUAGUUAACUCAUCCAUAAAACAAAAUACUAGUAUUCAUACAAUUUAAAAAUUAGUUAAUUUCUAUAGUUCAAGAAAUAGAAUCUUAAAAAAUGACAAUGUUUUAUUAAAAGACAGAGACACAUGGUCAUAUGACCUGCCCCAUGAAGAAAAACAUGGACCUAUGCCUUACUUUGACAAUGUUUUAUUCUGUCGGCCACGUGAACGUUUGCUCACAAUUAUUGACCACCUACUUUUCUGACUUUCUACUUUCAUUGCAUUUAUUUUCAAAGGUCUCCAGCUUGGUUCAGCACUCAUUCUAUCUAAACUAAUUUCUCAUCUUCUUAUCUUUUCAACUCUUUAAUUUGUUUUCACAAAAACAAUGGCUGACGCUUUGCUUGGAUUUGUUUUUGAAAACUUGACGUCUCUCCUUCAAAAUGAAUUUUCUACCAUUUCUGGAAUCAAAUCAAAGGUUCAAAAGCUAUCAGACAACUUAGUUCACAUCAAGGCUGUUCUUGAAGAUGCUGAGAAGAAACAAUUCAAAGAACUCUCUAUUAAGCUAUGGUUACAAGACCUCAAAGAUGCUGUUUAUGUGCUCGAUGAUAUCCUUGAUGAGUACUCGAUCGAGUCUUUUCGACUGAGAGGAUUUACCUCUUUCAAACUAAAGAACAUCAUGUUUCGCCAUGAGAUUGGUAACAGGUUCAAAGAGAUUACAAGGAGGUUAGAUGAUAUUGCUGAAAGUAAGAACAAGUUUUCUCUACAGAUGGGUGGAACUCUUAGGGAAAUCCCAGAUCAAGUAGCUGAAGGGCGCCAAACCAGCUCCACCCCUCUUGAAUCAAAAGCGCUGGGAAGAGACAAUGAUAAAGAAAAGAUUGUCGAGUUUCUUCUCACCCAUGCGAAGGACUCUGACUUCAUUUCUGUCUAUCCCAUUGUUGGUUUAGGUGGUAUUGGAAAAACAACUCUUGUUCAAUUGAUCUACAAUGAUGUUAGGGUGAGUCGCAAUUUUGAUAAAAAAUUUUGGGUUUGUGUUUCUGAGACUUUCUCGGUCAAGAGGAUUUUGUGUUGUAUUAUAGAAUCUAUUACAUUAGAGAAGUGUCCUGACUUUGAGUUAGAUGUCUUGGAAAGAAAGCUGCAAGGAUUGUUGCAAGGGAAAAUAUAUUUGCUGAUUUUGGAUGAUGUGUGGAAUCAAAAUGAACAAUUGGAAUCUGGGUUAACACAAGAUAGAUGGGAUCGUUUAAAAUCUGUUUUGUCGUGUGGAUCAAAAGGUAGUUCCAUUUUAUUGUCCACCCGUGAUGAGGUUGUUGCAACUAUCAUGGGAACAUGGGAAACUCACCGUUUGUCUGGUCUCUCUGAUAGUGACUGUUGGUUGUUGUUCAAACAACAUGCAUUUAGACGUUACAAAGAGCAUACAAAGUUUGUGGAAAUAGGAAAGGAGAUAGCAAAGAAAUGUAAUGGAUUGCCACUUGCAGCAAAAGCAUUGGGGGGUUUGAUGAGCUCAAGGAAUGAAGAAAAUGAAUGGCUUGAUAUUAAAGACAGUGAGCUUUGGGCUUUACCACAAGAAAAUUCUAUUUUGCCUGCUUUGAGGCUGAGUUACUUUUAUUUAUCACCAACCCUAAAGCAAUGUUUCUCUUUUUGUGCUAUAUUUCCCAAGGAUAGAGAAAUCCUAAAAGAAGAAUUGAUUCGACUUUGGAUGGCUAAUGGAUUUAUUUCAUCUAUGGGUAAUUUGGACGUUGAAGAUGUUGGAAACAUGGUUUGGAAGGAAUUGUACCAAAAAUCAUUCUUCCAAGAUUGCAAGAUGGAUGAAUAUUCUGGAAACAUUUCUUUUAAAAUGCAUGAUCUUGUCCAUGAUCUCGCUCAAUCAGUAACGGGGAAAGAAUGUGUGUAUUUGGAGAAUGCAAACAUGACUAAUUUGACAAAAAACACACACCACAUAAGUUUUCACUCUGAAAAAUUGUUAUCAUUCGAUGAGGGUGCCUUCAAAAAAGUUGAAUCCUUACGAACAUUGUUUGACUUGGAGAAUUAUAUUGCAAAAAAACAUGAUCACUUCCCAUUAAACAGCUCUCUUCGAGUUUUAAGCACAUCCUUUCUACAGGUCCCAGUAUGGAGUUUAAUUCAUUUAAGGUAUUUGGAAAUUCAUUCUCUUGGCAUAAAAAAGUUGCCUGACUCAAUUUACAACUUACAAAAACUGGAAAUCUUGAAAAUAAAACACUGUAAUAAACUUAGUUGCCUUCCGAAACGCUUGGCUUGUUUACAAAAUCUUAGACAUAUAGUCAUUGAAGAAUGUCGAUCUUUGUCUCGAAUGUUUCCUAACAUUGGAAAAUUAACUUGUCUAAGAACAUUAAGUGUGUACAUUGUUAGUUUAGAGAAAGGGAAUAGCUUGACAGAGUUACGUGAUCUAAACCUCGGUGGAAAACUGAGUAUCAAAGGAUUAAACAAUGUUGGCAGUUUAUUUGAAGCUGAAGCGGCUAAUUUGAUGGGUAAAAAAGACCUUCAUGAAUUAUACUUGUCAUGGAAAGACAAACAAGGAAUUCCAAAGACCCCUGUUGUUAGUGCUGAGCAAGUACUCGAAGAGCUUCAACCUCACUCAAAUCUCAAAUGCUUGACAAUAAAUUACUAUGAAGGAUUAUCAUUACCAAGUUGGAUAAUUAUUCUUAGUAAUUUAGUUUCUCUUGUACUUCUCCAUUGCAAGAAAAUUGUGCGGCUUCCGUUACUUGGUAAACUACCAUCUCUAAAAAAACUGAGAUUAUAUGGUAUCAAUAAUCUGAAAUACUUGGAUGAUGAUGAAUCUGAGGAUGGUAUGGAGGUGAGGGUUUUCCCCUCUCUGGAGAUACUCGAAUUAUCUUGUCUACGAAACAUAGUGGGGUUAUUGAAAGUGGAAAGAGGGGAGAUGUUUCCUUCUCUUUCUAAAUUGGUAAUCGAUUGUUGCCCUAAACUUGGACUGCCAUGUCUUCCAUCUCUUAAAGACCUCUAUGUUUACCCUUAUUUGCCUCAUAUUCCAAAAAUAGAGUUAUAAGAAGCAGAGACGUUUACCCUUAUCUGCCUCAUUAGCCAUCACAAAAAUCAAUUUUACUGGUAGGAUCUCUAUUUACCCUUCUUAUGUUUGCAUUUCAACUGCUCAAAAAUCUUUAUUUUUAUUCUCGUUGUUGACUUCUUUGGAACGCAUCCCGCAGAAAGAGUACAUGAAAGAUAUUUUACUACUCAACCAACCUAAGGACAAUUGUUCUAAUUCAGGUAAUUUUCUUCAUCAUAAUUUUAUUUUUUUAAUUUUAUUUUUUGAACUUUUUUUAAAUUUUGCUGAUUUUGUGGAGAUUGAACUGAAUGGUUAGGAUUUCCUUUGACACACAAGGGUGGGGUCGACAAAUAAAGGGAUUAAUAGGUUCCUAAUGAUGAAGAUGACAUCGUUCGGAGUGGAGGAUGUGACAAUGAGUCCGGUGGUGGUAGAGGUUUUCGCUUUUGAUCAUUGGGGCGUGGGUCGGAGCUCUGUGCACAAUAGAAAGUCUGAUCAUCAAGGUUUUUAUUGGUCUUUACUCUUUUGUAUUUAUUUGCUUUAGAUUGUUUAUUUGAAUGAUAUAUUGUUUGAUAAUAAUUUGAAGAAAUGAAAGUUUUUGAAUGUAAUUAUAUGGGUUGGUGUCAUAUCAGUAUCUAAACAUCAGACAUGUCAUCAAUAUGAAGUGUUGGUGCUACAUUAAUUUGAAUAAUUUACAAACAGUGAAAUGGAAAUUUGAAUAUUGGUGAAUGAUUAUUGGGUGCAGAACAGUGAUCAUGGCAAAGGAUGCAAUUACUUUGUUGGGUCAUUUAGGUUGGAAAAAGGCUCAUGUUUUUGGGCAAUUAGCGGGUUAUUAUUUUGUGUGUGUGUUUCUCUGUCUUUGAUUUGAUUAGGUUGAGUUUAUUUGUGUGUUUAUUUUUAAAUAGUUUGCCUAUUGAAACAGGAUCUAUGAUAGCUUGUAAAAUAGCAGCAAUGGUUCCUGAUAGAGUUCUCUCCCUGACAGGAGAUUUUCAAUGUUUUCCAGAGGUAUAUCUCCCUUUUAUAAUUCUUUGAACAUUUUGAUUUAUUUUUACGGCACUGUGAUUAGAGCAUUGACGACGCAAUAUUUGUAAGACGUUAACUACAUCAAUGAUUGCUAGCCACACUUUUUAAUUACAAACUUAGCUCAUGACGAGUGGACCUGCAUACGUAAUAAGUAUAAUUUGUUGGUACAGAUUUUAGGUGAUCCUUUAGGACAAUUUUAGUUGAGAAUUUAUCUUUCUAUGGUUUUGAGUCAGAAUUUUGUUGAGAAUUUCAUAGUACUAAAAUUGUCUUGGUAUGUUAUUUGCUAAUUUUUAAAGAAUAUUGACGGCUGUUGAUUCAGACACUAAACUCUGUUGAUUCAUGCAUAUUUGAUUUCUAAGUAUUUCUCAAGACAGUUAUCUGGAAGAAGAUGUAUGCUAGUUUUAUCUCUUCCCUGCAUCUUCUUAUCCCCAAACUACUUUCUAAUUUAAAUUUCUAUAUGCAGGAAUCACUUACUUUCUCUGUUUUUGUAUGGAAUAUGUCUACGAGUAAAAUUAUUGUGAGAAUUGGGCCAUAUCUUUAGAAUUGACGCUGAGCUUGUUAAUGCAACAAAUCAAAAUUCUUGGUUCAAGCUAUUAGCCAGGUGUGUAUACAGCUCUUCAUUAGGAAGGUGUGUAUUUAGCUAUUUCAUGAUUCUAGUCGAGUCACUCAUGUUAUUUCAUUAUGUUUGUGUCAGAUAUGUUGUGGAAUGCUGCUGACUUGCAGCCAUGUUUGUGUCGGACAAUUUUAUUUAUCAAGUUGUGUUGUGUCCACUGCUUUUCCUGAAAGCAAGAGGAUGCUUCAGCUGAACCACAGAAUCUAUAAGAGGUGAUGAUUUUGGAUGAUAUGAAUGAGAAAUCAACCGUUUAAUUUGAUAACAAAGUGAAUUUUACAUCUUUUAACUCUUUAUAUUUUAGUAUAUUAGCAUUAGUCAUAUCACUUACAGAGAGCAUCUCCUGUGAAACUGAACAGGUGACACUUAUUUCGCUUUGAACUAUGGAUAUUGUUGAAUGUGAGGAAUUGAGAUCCCUGCCAUAAGGUAUUUGACACCUCACUUCACUUGAGUUUUUGAAUAUUCGUGGUUACCCAUAAGGAAUUGAAGACAUUUUUUAAGAGACUUGAUUUAUGUGAACCUUGUGAUUUUGUCUGAGACGAAAUCGAUUAAAAUUGUCAACCUUAUGGGUCAGAUUAUCGUUAUCGCGUUUCCACUUCCAUUGAUGCUGGUAUUGAUAAGAUAUAGAUCUUCAUUCCUAUAGUAUUAAUUUUAACAUAUACUACUAGAUUUCAAUUUGAUUUCAUGUAUUCAUGAAAAUAUGCAGGUGAUGGUCCUUCAUUUAUGAAAUAGCCCUUUCAUGUAUAAUAUAUUUAUGAAAGAGUCGGAGUUUCAUGUUCGAUCACGGGAAACACCAAUAUUAGGAAUGAAGUUUGCUGCUGAAGAUUUCAAUUUCCUUUAACUGAUAGCUCUUUGCUGGUUAUGGUUAAUUUCAAGGUAAGGCAUAGUUCAUAUCUUAGUGAAUACUUUAACAUGAAUUUUCUGCCUCGUCAAACUAAUUUAUUUUAACAUACAUGUCGAAACUUUAGUUGGCUUUCUUUUUAUUGCAUGCUUCAACAAAGUAAUACUCUUUCCACCUCCUUGUGGUUAGAGUUGGUUUUCAGGACUUUAUAAUGCUAAUUACCUUCACAUAUCAUUUUUUAACCAAACAUAUUUAAAAUUCCAUCCUUAUAGCAAAGAAAAAAAUAGUAUAUUGUAUAUGUAUGGUAAGAUUUUAUAAAGGAAUUGAGUGUAUUUUGGUCAUACAUACAGGCAAGGGACUGAAUGUAUUUUGGCCUGAAAAAUCAAUCUCCAAAGAAGGCAGUGAACAAUGGUGAUCCAACACAAUAGCCGAACUUAAUUCCAACUAAUAACAGAUGUUGAAAGAGUUAUAUAUAGCUUCGCCUAAGCCUCAGGAGGCUGUCCUUGAUUUUACGAUAUCUACUAGUAGUAAUGUUGCUGAAAUAAGGGAUUCUUUGUAUUAAUCUCUUUCCCAUUCCUCUAGUGUAGUUUUUUGUUGGUGAGCUUAUAAUCAGACAUUUUGUGCCUUGGUUGUACCAAACAAUGUACAUACAUUUUUUAUUUAAAAGGGACAAAUACUUUUUUGAAUUCAUACUUAAUCAAGUAACUACGAGAUAUUUUUGUCAUUUAUAAAAUUCACUUGUCAACAGAAAUGUAACCAGACAAAGAAUUCAAUAAACAUGGCACAAGUUAUCAUCAGCACACAUGAAUGAUCCUUAAGAAGGGACUUCAGCUUGAGGAUAUGUAAUAUAAUAAUAUUGAUUUCCUUCACAAAUUAGCUUCCACUGAAUAUAUUUAAGAACUCAUCCUUGUUUUAUUUCAAAUUCUUGUUUCUUAUCUGUUCAGUAAGUGAACUUGUUAUAAAUAUCCGUGUCUGGGGAGUUUGUUUAUAAUAUUUCAUGAUAAGAACUAGGAUUCGACAUAAAACAAAGUCAAUAGAAUUCUCGAUCUCUCAAACUCUGAAAUGCUUAUUAUUUUAAUGAUUCUAGCUAGAGCAAAGUGAUUGUGCCUGAGUCAAACACAUCUGAUGUGAAGGGUGGUUGUGCAUGAGUCGAACGCAUCUGAUGUGAAAAUGGGAAAUAUUAGUGAAUAUACACUAUCGGCGUAAAAUUGGUUUGCAUUAACGUUCAGAUAGAGCUCACUGUUUUCAUGUUUUGCCAAGCUAUGUUUUCAUCUCUACAAUGCAAUUGUAUAAUUCUUCUUUUCCGCCAUGCCCCCCUCGGCCUCAUCAUCGAACUUAGUUGAUUCUCCAAAUUAUUAAAAUCAAACCACCAUAGAAUACCAAUAUAUUAAGCAAGGUUCCCUAAUUAUCCUGGUUUAUGCACAAUUUAUCUGGCGCCGAUAUUUGUUGGUGCACUCUCCCUCUCUUUUUCUUCUUUGUUAAACUGUGUGAUUACUUGUAAUAUUAGAUAGCUUGCGCAGCAGGUUACUCUGCCAUUCCAUAGAUCUUUACUGUGUACUAGCAUCAUAUGAUUCUAAUCCUAGAUAAUAGUUUGUUAGAGUUAGUUAGGAUCAUAUACAGCUUUAUAUUAGCUUUGUUGUAACCAAUUUCAGAUCAAUUCAUAGAAUAAAACCUAAAUAGGAUUAGAAGAAAACCUUUGUAUAAUCUAAAGACAAUAUACACAAAUAAUAAUAUUGGAGUUGUGAACCUAAAGGAUACAAAUAGAAAAGGAAAAAAAAAGAGCUGAAAUGGUUGAUAACAACACUUAGAAUAAUUCUGGCAAUGUUAAUGACAUGUCUUAGGCUAGUGGAACAACUAACUUGGAACAUAGUAUCGAUGCUAACACUAUUCAUGAUCACUAACUUAGUCAAUUAAAACAUCAACCAGAUUCUCACCAUGCUCCCUAGCAAUGUUGAAAUCUUUAAUGCCGUCCAUUCUCUUAACAAGGGCUCUGAUGGAUUUGGAGCAUUUUCCUUUCAAACUUAUUGGAAAUUAUUAAACUGGAGGUUAUAAAUGUUGUUAUGCAAUUCCUCUCAAAUGGACGGCUUCUUCCUAAUUUUAAUCCAAAAACUAUUGUUUUGACCCCAAAGGUCCCUAAUGCUGAUAAUGUGAAUCAAUUUAGGUCUAGAGCAUUAGCCAACUUCAAGUUCAAAUUCAUUACAAAAAUCAAUGCUAGAAGAUUAACUUAGAUCAUGCCAUUAUAAAAAAUAUGUUUGAAUUACAAAGCUAUAUAUAGAUUUGUCAAUGUUUGAAAGGUCUUGGCCUAGUCUCCCUUUCUGUUUGUUUUCUUUCCUUUCUUUGAAUAUAACGUAACUAUGUGAUACACUUAGAGCAUCACCAUUUAUAAAAACAAAAAAAAUAUAUUGGCAUUUGCCAAAUAUUUUGAUACUUUAGACUGGCACUUUCUAAUAAGGAUUCUCAAAGCUUUUGAUUUAAACUGUACUUUUUGCAAUUGGAUAAAUUGUAGUCUCAAAUCAACAAUGCUUUCUAUGUUGUGAAUGGCAAACAAGAAGUCUACUUUUCUUUUAAGAUACGGGAUAGACAGAGAGACCCCAUCUCCCAUUUACUUUCAUGUCGUAAUAAAGAAGUCAUCAGUGUAACAUCUAAGACUGUUUUUAGGAUUGGCGAUUGACCCCACAAAUUAAUACGAGUCUUUUUAGUAUGUUUUGUUCUCUCUCGCACGCUUUUCAAGAAACUUUUUAGAAUGUCACCCGUCCCAAAAUUGCUCCAAGUUGAGCACGCUUAAUUGUGGAGUUCUUAUGGUUUGACCUACCGAAAAGAAGAUGCAUCUUGUUUUUAUAGGUAGUACCAAACAAUUCAUAUAAGCCUUCCUUCAACAAUGAUGUCCCAUACUUGCACAACCUCAGGAUCCCUCUCAUUCUGAUGUGAUUCGGUUUUGCCAAUAAGCGUGUCAGGAGUCGGACCACUACAUGCCCUUGUCAGUCUCGGACGUUACAUGCCCACCAAGUGGAGGCGUUACAUUCUCAACUGCUUCCGCUUGGUUCAUCCCCGAACCACAUCAAACUGGAGAGGUCUACUUUGAUACCACGUGUAACAUCCCAGACUGCUUUCAAGAUUGUCGAUUGACUCCACAAACCAACAGGAGUCUUUUCAGCGUGUUUUGUCCUCGCUCGCACGCUUUUCGGAAAGCUUUCAAGAAAGUCAUCCAUCCCAAAAUUGUUCCAAGUCAAGCACGAUUAACUGUAGAGUUCUUAUUGUUUAGGCUAAAACAAUUUAUAUCUUGUAUUUAUAGGUAGUAUAAAACAAUUUAUAGAAAAACGACACACAUAAAAAAUAUUAAUUUACUUCUUAUUGUAGUGCAUUAGUAUUAUUUUAUAGUGAUAUUCUAGUUUUUCUUAUCUUCUAAAAUCCAACAAGACGUGGAGGCUAUUAAAACUAAUUUUUUUAUUUUUUAAGCCAAAUAGGGAAUAUACUCCCUCCGUUUCAUAAUACUUGUCCAUUUUAGAGAAUAAUUUUGUUUCACAAUACUUGUCACUUUCAAGUUUCAAUGCAACAUUAGUUAUUGUCUUGUCAAUAAUACCCUUGCAUAUUUAUUGUAGAGAGAGAAAAAAAUAAAAUGAAAUAAUAGAUGAUUAAGGGUAUUAUAAAAAACACACACAUAUUUUCAUCAAAAAUAACAAAAUUUAUUUGGUUUCUUGGUUAGUGCAAUUUCUCCAAAAUGGACAUGUAUUUUGAAACGGAGGGAGUAAUAAAUAAAAAGGAAGACAUACAAAGACUGGGGCAUAGGACCUGACCCAGGGACAACCCAAACGGGGAUACAACAUGAUAAAUUAGUCUAGGAGGAUCAACUCUAAAUUAUCCUAACAUAAAUUCACUAAAUACGAGCGCUACCCAACGAAUCCGCGUACAGGUGCAAAACUAGGUUAAAAAAAGAAUGAAAAGUGAAAAUCCGCACAGGACAUCUAGAGAAUGAAAAAUAGGCUAUUAAAACUAAUUAAAAUGUAAGAGUAAUAUAAAAUUUGAAGUGUUUCUCAUAUCUUCUAAAACCCAACAAGACAUCUAAAUUAUUAUUUAUUAUGACAUCAAAAUAAAAAUAAAGACUAUGAAGUAAGGUAAAAUUUAUUUAUCAACCUAACUCUUAAAGUUAUUCUUAUAAGGCUGAUAUGCCUAAAUUGUAUAACAUGAUGAUACCUUCAAAAUUAAUGGAGAAGAGGACAAUCAAAAUAAUAAUCUUUAUUGACUUAAAGUAAGUUUUUUUUUUUUUUUUUUUUUUUUUUACAAUAAAGUAAGCUUAUUACAGUAGAACACUAUAACUACAAGUUUCAUCAAAUUAAAAAAAUAAAGGAAAAUGUUAACUUGUGUCUUUAAGGCACAAACUAAUGAAACAAAUAUAGAAAUAGUUUAUUGAAAUGUGUGCAUUACAUUUAAUUUUUAAUUUUUUAAUGAGUUGAAUGCACAAAAUUUUAUACUCCCUCCGUCCCUUAAUAAGUGACACAGUUGACCCAAUUACGCAUACCAAUGCGUAAAUUUGAGUUUAAAUAUCUUGAAUAAUAUAUUGGAAAAAAUUAUGAAAAUUUGAUAUUUUGAAAAUACUCAUCGAGACGAAUCUAACGACAUCUUAUAUGAUAUUAUUUAUCUUUGUAUAUUAAUAGAAAAAUAUGGUCAAAAUAAGUUAGGUCAAAAUUGCACAUUUUCAAAUAUGUCAUUUAUUGCGGGAUGGAGGGAGUAAAAUAUUUCUUUUUUAAAGUUUUAAUGGUCCGAAACUAAUAGAAUCGUAAGUGCGCUGCUACCAAUUCACAUUUGUGAUUAAUGCAUUUAUAAAUAUAAAACAAGUUCCCACUUUUUGGACAAUCAGCAUCAAUUUGACAUUCAUCACUUGCUGUAAUAAGAAGAAAAAAAGUCAAGAAAAUAAUGUUACUACAUGAUUGUGUACGAGCCACAAAGUAAAAAAAGAAAUUUGAAAAGAAUAAAAGGAAUGGCUUACCAACACCAAAUUUCGUUGCGAUGAGAAAUAAGGAAAUAAAUAGAAUCCUGACACAAACAAACUUAAGAAUUUGAACCAUAUUUUAUCUUGUUUGAGUGUAAAAAAUAGAAAAUGAUUUGGUCUAUUUAUAAUUUUCCUGCUCUCUAAAAUAAUGAAAUAUUUUUAGCACUUACAAAGUUGAAACCGUCGUUCAUAAUAUUAUGAUCAUUAUUAAAUAUUUAUUAAGUAUAUCAAUGUGUUGUGUUUGUUCUUUUAGCACACUUAAGGUGAGUCAAAUAACAAAAUUACUAAUCAUUAAAAUUCAUUCUUUAUAUUUAACUUUUAUUUACUUUUUUUAAAGUUAAAAGUUUUUUUUUUUUAAGAAGCUAAAAUGAAUUAUAUUACCACCUCAAAAGAGUCUUUCCUAGCACAAGACGUACUAAGGAAAAAACAACAAUGUCCUAUUACAAUCUCCAGUACAAAGCUAAAGAUAAAAGAGAAGAAACAUUAGCCUAUGCCCAUAAUAGUAAACGGGCUAAUCCACCACCCGUGGUAAUUGAGGGGAAGAGAGGAAUACUUCGCCUUCAACCACGUAAAGGCAAGCGACUUAAUAUUGUCUACCACCUGAUUAACCGAGCAUUCUUUGACAUUAAACAGCAUAUUGUUUCUUUCCUUCCAAAUUUCCCAAACAACUGCAUACCAAAUAACCUGAAGAAUAGAGCGAUGUGCCUUUGUGAAACCACCACCCAAACUAAACUGGUUAAAAUGAUCGGACACCUGAAAAGGGGAAGCCACGGACAAGCCUAACCACCUAUGAAUAAAGUGCCAUACAGAACCAAAAAAAUUACAAUGUAAGAACAAAUGAUUUGAAGUUUCCAGAGAGCCACAACCAGCGACACAAAGCCUGGAAGUUUGGUUAAUAACACCACGACGGAACAAAUUAUCUUUUGUGGGCAAUCUAUCUCGAAACAACCGCCACGCAAAGAGCACCACCUUCAACGGAAUGUCUCUAUGCCACAAAAAACAAGCAUCCACUGAAAGCACUAAAGGAGGUUGAAGAGUAAGAUAGUUAUAGGCACUUCGGACAGUGAAGACACCUGAAGAUUCUAACGUCCAAAGCCAUUUAUCAACCUUCGCAACCUGUAAAUUCACAUUCUGAAGCAAUAAUAUUAGAUCCCCGAAUAACCCUUCCUCCCAUACAAACAACCUCCGCCUCCAUGUCCACGCCUCACCGCCUACCCCCCAACCUAAAUGACACAUAUCAAACACCGAGUUCCCCUUAAACACCGAUAAUUCAUAUAGUCUAUUAAACCUGACCCUAAACUCCUCUCCACCACACCAAACGUCCGACCAAAAAAGAGUAUUCUCCCCAUUACCUACCGCCCUCCUGACGUGGUUAGUGAACCACUCCUCCCUAUAUAUUGCGUAAACAUCAUGCCACCACAACGAAGCCUCGCGGCCUCCUCCCAACAGCCUCCCUCCCUCCAACCCAUACCUCGCUACCAACACCCUAAACCACAAAUUGACAUUAUCCUCCAACAACCUCCAACACCAUUUCCCUAACAACGCUAAAUUAAACUCCCUAAUUCUCCUUACCCCCAAACCACCAACCUCCUUACCACGACAAAUAGUGUUCCAAUCCACCCAAGAUAUUUUCCUGUGGUCAUCACCCCCCCCCCCCCCCCCCCCCCCCCCCAAAAAAAAAAAAAAACAAUUUAAAAUAGAUUCGAAAGAGGAUACGAUACCUGACAAACAAAGUUUUCUUUUAGACCAUCGUAAUAUUAUUAUUUUGGAAUAAUAUACAUAAUUGGAGAUGAGAAAUAAGUAGAGUGUAUUGUAGGAUCAACUUUUAUUGUUGAUAAAAUCGUUGAAUUAAAAAAAACACCUUUCCUUGAUUUAAAAAAUUGAUGUGUAUUUUAUAGAACUUUUUUUAUUCAAUAAUAUUUAAGGUUCAAAAACUCAACCUAAAAGUAGUGGUUUAGGGACAACCUAAAUGCAGAUGACAUUUAUUUGUAAGAACAAUUAAAAGUAAUAAAAUUUCAGCGUCUAACAACAUCAUAUAUAUAUAUAUAUAUAUAUAUAUAUAUAUAUAUAUAUGGGUUUUGCUAGAAGACAACUUUUAUCAUCGGCGGAGCUAGGAAAAAAGUAUAGGAUGGGCUAUAAAUAGUGAUGGGGCUUAAUUUUCUUACAGGUACAUUUUAUCAUUGGUUAGUUUCAAUGACUACAAAUUUGUUAUUUGUUGAAUAUAAUUCAAACCGGUAUUUUAAAAUCUGAACCGUUUAUCAACCUUGAUAAAGUACAAGAUAAUUGAUCGAACAACUAGGUCAUUAAACCUAACGACUGAAUUAAAUGACUCAACUUCAAUAAACAGAUGUAUAGGUAUUAAAUCGAAUUGAAUCAAACGACUGAGUAAAAAGAAAAACUCAUGACAUAUGUAUAUUAAUGUAAAAAAGAUCAUUACAUAAGAAAAUAUACUUAUAAUCAAGUACAAUAAUGAAAUCAUAUUGUCCUUGCCUCAAUUAUUUUUAUGAUUUCUAACAAAUUCUAUUUUAUUUUAUUUAUGAUUUCUAAAAAUUAUUUUUAUUUUUUAGAAAAUAGGAAUGAAUCAUAUUUAAACUAAGAUCAAUAUGAUAUCUGAAGUAAGAAAUGAUGUUAGUGAUUGGCCCUUGCCUCAAGUCACUAACGUUGAUGAAUGGGUUCCUUUUGAAGGGCAACUAUUUGAAGAUAAUGAAUAUGUAAAUUCUUUAACAUUUCAAGAGCUACAACAUGAACCCUUGCCUCAAGUCAACAACAUUGAUGAGGGGGUUCCUUUUGAAGGGCAAGUAUUUGAAAGUGAUAAUGUUGCUUAUGAAUUUUAUUGUUUAUUUGCAAAACAAAAUGGAUUUUCUAUUAGGCGUGAUCACAUUUAUAAAUCUAGUAAAAAUGUGUCUGAAGAGAAUCCAUCGGGUGUUUAUAAGAGGGAAUUUGUUUGUCAUCGUGGUGGUAUUGUUAAACCACGCAAAACUGUUGAAGUGGAAAAUCAAAGGAAACGAAAAUCUUCAAGAUGUGAUUAUGGUGCAAAGAUGGUAGUUAAUAAGAGAACAAUUGUCUUUGAGAAAAAAUGGGUGGUUAAAUAUUUCAACAAUUCUCACAACCACGAGUUAUUGGAUAACAAAGAGGUUCGAUUUCUUCCUGCUUAUCGUAACAUUCCAAUUGUUGAUCAAGAUCACAUACUAUUAUUAUCUAAAGUUGGUUGCUCUGUAAGUAUUAUAAUGAGAGUGCUUGAGUUAGAGAAAAGAACGGGCACAGGAAAUUUACCAUUCUUAGAAAAAGAUAUUAGAAAUUUUAUUCAGUCAUAUAGUGGUAUUGGUAAAGAAAGUGAUGCUGCAGAUGUUCUCAGAUUGUGCAAAAGUUUGAAAGAUCGAGAGGAGGCCUUCCAAGUUGAAUUCACAAUUGAUGAAAGUAACAAAUUGGAGCAUAUUGUUUGGGCAUUUGGUGAUUCAAUUCGCGCAUACGAAGCUUUUGGAGAUGUUGUAGUUUUUGAUACCACAUAUAGAAUAAACCGUUAUGGGAUGCCUCUUGGAAUAUGGGUUGGUGUUGAUAAUCAUGGAAAUUCAAUUUUUUUUGGUUGCGUUCUAUUGCGAAAUGAGAAGAUUUCUUCCUUCGAAUGGGCUAUAAAGGUAAAUUUCUAUUUACUCAAAGUUGUUAUCACUGUUAAAUUUUUAAAUUUGAAACUUUAUUAAAUUAAUUUAGAUUUAUGUUACAAUUUUCAGAGUUUCCUAGCUUUUGUGAAAGGAAAAUAUCCAAAAACAAUUCUUACCGAUCAAGAUCUUUCAAUUAAAGAAGCCAUUGCAACGAAAUUGCCAAACACAAAACAUGCAUUUUGUAUAUGGCAUAUUGUCGCAAAGCUGUCAAGUUGGUUUUCUUUUCCACUAGGUUCGAGAUAUGAUGACUUUAAACAUGAGUUUCAUAAGGUAUAUCAUUUAGAAUGUGCAGAUGAUUUUGAACGAGAAUGGAAAAUAAUGGUCUCACAGUUUGGUUUGGGCGUGGAUAAGCAUAUUGACUUGCUCUUUUCCCAUCGUAAAUUUUGGGCCUUAGCUUAUUUGAAGGACUUUUUUUUUGCUGGAAUGACAACAACAGGACGCUCAGAAUCGAUAAAUUCAUAUAUAAAAAGAUUCUUAGAUGCCAACAACAGGACGCUCAGAAUCGAUAAAUUGUUAUAUUUUUGUGUAGGUUGGUGUUGCUGUCAAAAUUAGAAAUCAAGCUGGAGAAUAGGCACGAAUGCGUCAAAAGUAUCAUAAUCCUCAUAUUACAACACAUUUUCCUAUUGAAGAACAUGCCUCGUCUAUACUCACACCUUAUGCCUUUAAGUUGCUUCAAUAUGAGAUCGAAUUAUCCGCAAAGUAUGAAGCAAUUGAAGCUGACAAUGGCUCUUAUGUUGUGCAACAUCAUACCAAAGUUGAUGGUGGUCGUAUAGUAAGUUUGAUAACAGAAGAAGAGUCAAUUCAUUGUUCUUGUAAAGAGUUUCAAUUUUCAGGAAUACUAUGUAGACAUGCAAUUCGAGUGCUAAUGUUGAAAAAUUAUUUUGUUCUUCCAUCAACAUAUCUUCCUUUUUGACGGAGACGAGAAAGUUCAUUGAUCCCAAAAUCUAGUCAUGUGAUUAACUGCAAUGAUGUAUCCUCUGCCAAAUUUCAAUCUCUAAUUCGAUGUUUGGAAGUCGAAUCAUUAAAGACAAGUGAACGAGAACAGGUUUCUACAAGAGAGUUAGAAAAUAUCAUCAUAAAGAUAAAAGGCAUGCCUGAAACUCAAGAACAUGUGAUUGAUUUGGAAGCGGAUGUUUCCAACAAUGACGACUACGACGUUGAAAAUCCUGUUGUUUCAAAAACAAAAGGUCGGCCAAAAGGAUCAAGACCAAAAGGAGGGGUUGAAGCUGCCAAGAAGCCUCGUCGUUGUCAUGUUCCAGAUUGUGGUGGAACUAAUCAUGACUCACGAAACUGUCCAAACAAAAAGAGAAAAAUGGAAGUAUUGCCUUCUCAAUCUCCUAAUAAGUAAGUUUUAAUUGGUGUGUCUUGUUCUACUCAUGACUAAUAUAUUAAAUUAAUGUUGACUGAAUUUUUAUGGUGCUUUGAUAGGAUCAUGAAGGGUUGGAAGUAGUCAUCUUGAAAUAGUGAAUUUGACAGAUGAAGCAGCCAAAUAGUUUAGAUCAAACCGUGUAAUUAGUGAAUUUUGUGGCUGCAAUCUGUAAGAUCAAACUAGCAGUAUAUUUUGUAGGAUUAUUAUGAUCAAAUUGUAUAAUUACUAGUAUAUUUUGUACCAGUAUAUAGCCUGUGUUUUGUUCCAGUUCGCCCAAUCUUUCUCUUCUUGAGAGGUCCUGUUUGGCUUAAUAUAUUAUUGCACAUUAUUAUGAUUAUGUGAAAUGUUGAUGUUAAUUAUUGAACAUCAAAUUGGUUAUUAAAAGUCAAAGAGUCUAAAAAAAAAAAAAAAAGUAAAAGAUCAAACUAGCAAUAUAUUUCUGUGAAAUAUAUUAUUGCAUAUUAUUGCACCUCUUAAAAAAGAAGUAAAAGAUCCAAUGAAAAAAUGUGUUCUCUUUUUGACAAACACAUUGGUUGUAGGAAGAGAGAGAAAAUGAUGAUUUCUAGGUGAAUGGGAAAUGACUUUAAAGGACGUGUAUUAUAUCAUUAUUGAAGAACAAUCUAAAUUUCCUUUGAUUUACAUGAUUGUGAAUUAAUUUGUAUUAGGAGAAGUGAAUCAAUCUAAAUUAAAUCAUUUGUAUUAUAUCAUUACGGAGGGAGUAACUAGUGGUUUAAUGACAAUCUAAAUUUCCUUUGAACAACCCCACAAACAACUUGAACCGUUUUUUUUUUUUUUUUUUUUUUUUUUUUGUCAAUUAACAACUUCAAAAUUUUAUUUCUUAAAAUACUCACAUUGAAAUAAUUAUUUUAUCCACGUUGGGUUUUGAUAAGGUAUAUAAUACAAUGAUAAGGUAAUUAUUUUAUUCAUAUUAAAUAAAAUAUUACCUCAAGAAAGAAAAAAAAGUUCAUGAUUGGUAAAUAUAUAUGUUUGGAUUGAUGAAAAUGCAAGUAGUAAAAUCUAAAGAUUCUCUACCCUAUGGUAUAAGUUACUACUAUAUAAGGCAAACUAUACUUCUCUCAAAAAAAUUAAAAAGGCAAACUAUACUAGCGAUAAAUUUACGUUAAAAUGACCCUCUUUUAAUUCAUAUAUAGGAAAAUGAAUUGAAAUUUUUUUCGCGGACAACGGUGGUAUUUUUUCCAAUUUUGGUGAAAACACUCUACAUUUUUUUUUUAUUGAUAAACGAAAUAACAAGAACUAUUGAAAACUCACGUAAAUGGAGGAGUCUAGUUCAAACCUCGACCACCAUAUCCAACAUAACAAUUUUAGUAUUUUAGAACUAUGACUUAUGUACAAAACACUACAUUUUAAAUAGAGAUUACUUCUUUAAAACUCAUCUCAAACAUGUUUUAUUGGAGCGACCGAGCGUGGGUCACCUUCAGUUUAGGAAACUCUCCCUUUUUGAGAGGGGCGGGUUGGUUAAACCCUUUUCUGAGGAUGAGAUUAAGGCGGCUGUGUGGGAUUGUGAUAGUUUUAAGAGUCCGGACCCUGAUGGGAUCAACUUGGGUUUUUUUAAGUCCUUUUGGCCUGAGUUGAAAACAGAUCUUGUGCGCUUUGUGACCGAAAUCCAUAGGAAUGGGAAAUUAACGAAAGGCAUAAAUUCUACAUUCAUAACCCUUAUUCCUAAAGUUGCUAGCCCACAAUCUUUGAAUGAGUUCCGCCCUAUUUCUUUGGUGGGGAGCUUGUACAAAAUUUGGUUAAUGCAACCUCAUCAUUUUAGGUGCAUUUCCCAUUUUACCCUACACCAUUUUUUUAAUUAUUUUAUUAUUUUUAUAUUUUUAAUAACUUUUACAAUUUUUAUUUUUUUAACUAUUUUUCAAUUUGUUCACCCAAAUUCAGUUGCUUCUAAAUUGCCGUUGUGGGAGAGUAAGAUAUCGCUUGAUUCGGGUUUUUUCCAACUUCUCUACAUUUUUAAGGAGAAGUUAGAUCAAACACACUAUCAAUUAUUUUAAUUUCAAUAUUGUUUAAUCAUCACAACCUCACAAAUAUUUUUAUUCACACUGUCAUUUAAUGAUACCAAAUACUAUUAUUUCCUUUCUUCAACCUCACAAAUAUUUACACACACAUUAAUGUUUAGAGUAAUAUUUUAUGUCCGUCUGUGUUUUUGUUAAGCUAAUGCAUAUAAUUUUUUUUAGUGUUGCUUGGUUGAGUGCUACCUCACCGAUUUGUUUUAACUAUUUUCCAAUUUUUAUACUUUUAAAUACUUUUAACUAUUUUCCAAUUUUUCCUCCCAAAUCCAGUUGUUUCUACACUGCCAUUGUGGGAGAUUAAGAUAUCGUUUGACCCGGUUUUUUUUUUUACUUCUCAACAUUUUUAAAAAGAAGUAAGGUCAAACACAAUAUCAAUUAAGUACUUGAUGAGUCAUUUAUUGACUAUUUUAAUAUGCUUUUUAGUUUAGUUUUAUUUAGAUUUUAUAUAAUUUUAUAUUAGUAUUAUUUCCUUUUUACGAUAGUUUACUUUAAAUUGCAUUUUAUUAUAUUUCAGGAAAGAAUAUUGGAUGGAUUGAGUCUUGGAGCAAAAGAAAGAGACUUGGAGCCGAUUGGACACAAAAAAUAUGAAGAUUGAGAGACAAAAUAUGUCUCCCACAAGUCAGAAGCCUAGCACGGCCCAUGCUAGCCUUGGCACGGCCGUGCCACCCUCCAGAGUGCCUUUUGCUGCUUUUGCUUAGAUUUUAAGCUACUCUAUUUUUGGCCCAAAUGUAAUAGCUUAGAUUUUAAGUCGAUCAAAUGCUAUAAAUAGAGUAGCCAUCCAUCACAAAUAUUCAUCUUUUCUUAGAAUGCAAUAUGUGACAAUUGUCUUUCUAAUAAAAGUUCAUUUACUUUAUUGUUAUUUACUUUUAUGCUUUCUCUCUUCUUCUCCUUGUCUACGAUAAACAUUAGUGAGUAGACUUCUCUUGUCUUGGGAUUGUUGGAUAAGCCUAAUGACAUAAUCCUAAUCAAACAAAGCUUUAAACCUUAAUCUUAUGUAACCCUAAUUCCUUAUCUAAAUUCACCGCUUUAACAUGGAUCAACCAUUAUCAAACUGUGGAAACGAAAGUGGAGGGUUUGAUAAUUGUUUAUCCAUCAUCUUAAAUAUCAAUUCAUAAAACGAAAGUGGAGCUUUGAUAUUCGAACAAGUGAAUUCAGACAAGGAUUGCAAAGUCAGCGAAAUAGGCUUUGCAAUCUUUGAGACAUAUAGUUUCGAUCUUCAAGGGAACUGAUAAUAAUCAAGUCAGCGAAAUAGGCUUGGUUGUUAGAGGAACCAAAAUCUAAUAGUAAUCAAGUCAGCGAAAUAGGCUUGGUUGCUAGAGGAACAUAAGAGAAACUGUCUUGAGAAAUUAGGUCUAACAUAACAUUAUAAGCUUAUAGUUUUGGUUUGAGAAGGACUUGUCAUUUAGAGGAAACCAACGAUCCCAAGGCUCUUUUUAUUAUUAUUAUUUUCUUCCAAACGCUUGAAAACCCCCAACUUACAAUUCUCUCCUCUCUUCUAAUCAUCUCUAAAAAGUUAAUUGAAUUGAACUACUCCCUGUCGGAACGAUACUCUUUUAUACUACUUCGGUAAGACCGUGCACUUGCGGUUUUAUCUCAUCAAGUUUUUGGUGCCGCUGCCGGGGAGUAAACUAAUUUGAUUAACUCUUUCCUUGUGAUUAGAACUCUCUUCUCUUCCUUUUUUUUUCUUCUACUUCUUUUGGCGAAAAUUCUAGCAAACAAGUUGAGGCAGGUUAUUGGAAGUGUUGUGUCGGAAACUCAGUCUGCUUUUGUGAAGGAUAGACAAAUUCUUGAUGGUAUCUUGAUCGCGAAUGAGGUGGUUGAUGAGGCAAGGAAAACUAAGAAAGACCUUUUGUUGUUCAAAGUGGAUUUCGAGAAGGCGUAUGAUUUUGUAGAUUGGGGGUACCUUGAUGAGGUGAUGGGGAGUAUGUCGUUUCCGACGGUGUGGCGAAAUUGGAUUAAAGAAUGUGUUGGUACUGCUACUGCCUCAGUUCUUGUGAAUGGAAGUCCUACUGAUGAGUUUUUUCUUGAACCGGGAUUACGUCAAGGUGAUCCUAUAUCUCCUUUUUUAUUUUUAUUGGCAGCAAAAGGUUUGAAUGUGUUGAUGAAAGCGUUGGUAGACACAGAUCUAUUUACGGGGUAUAGAGUGGGGAGAGAGAAUUCAGUGGUUGUGUCACAUUUACAGUUUGCUGAUGAUACGCUUCUUAUUGGGAACAAAAGUUGGGCUAAUGUGCGGGCGUUGAGGGCUGGUCUCGUCUUGUUUGAAGCUAUGUCGGGAUUGAAAGUUAAUUUUCACAAGAGUUCACUGGUAGGGGUUAAUAUUAAUGAUUCGCGGCUGUCAGAAGCGGCUUCUGUGUUGGGGUGCAAAGUAGGUAAAAUCCCGUUUCUCUAUUUGGGGCUCUCGAUUGGGGGCGAUCCGCGUCGACUUUUGUUUUGGGAACCUGUGGUGGAUCGUAUUAAAUCUAGAUUGUCUGGUUGGAAAAGUCGGUUCCUAUCUUUCGGUGGUCGUUUGAUUCUACUAAAGUCCGUCCUGACUGCUCUACCUGUCUAUGCACUUUCCUUCUUCAAAGCUCCGACAGGUAUAAUCUCUUCCAUUGAAUCUUUGUUUAAUAAAUUUUUUUGGGGAGGGAGUGAGGAAAAAAGAAAAAUAUCUUGGGUUAGGUGGGAGACUUUGAGUAUGAGGAAGGAGUAUGGAGGGUUGGGAGUUAAGAGGUUGAGGGAGUUUAACAUUGCUUUGUUGGGUAAAUGGUGUUGGAGGUUGUUAUUGGAGAGGGAUGCUUUGUGGAGACAGGUAUUAGUGGCUAGGUAUGGUGUGGAGGAUGGCGGUUUGGAGGAUGGGGGCCGGAGUUGUUCUUCAUGGUGGAGGGAGAUUGUGAGGAUUAGAGAUGGGAUAGGUGAGGGUGGAGAGGGUUGGUUUGGGACAUGUGUUAGGAGGAGGGUGGGAGAUGGUGCAGAUACUGAUUUUUGGCGUGAUUGUUGGUGUGGAGAUGUUCCUCUGUGUGUCCGGUUUAGACGCCUUUUUGACUUGACUGCUCACAAAUCAAUCUCAGUUAGGAAUAUGUUCCUGCUGGGGGUGGAUGUGGGCGGGGAGGCGUUGAGGUGGCGUAGGCGGUUGUGGGCUUGGGAGGAGGAGUUGGUAGAGGAGUGUAGGGCUUUGUUACUAACAGUUUCUUUGCAGGAAUCAGUGAUAGACAGAUGGCUCUGGUUACCUAAUCAUGAUGAUGGGUAUUCUGUACGUGGAGUCUAUGACAUGCUGACAUCACAGGAGCAGCCCCAGUUACACCAUAAUAUGGACUUAAUUUGGCAUAAACAGGUUCCUCUCAAAGUAUCUAUCUUUGCUUGGCGACUUCUGAGGGAUCGGUUACCUACAAAACUUAAUUUGGCAAAUCGUGGCAUUCUAUCUGUGGAGGAGCGGUUAUGUGUUUCUGGAUGUGGGAUUGUCGAAGAUGUUUCUCAUUUGUUUUUGUCUUGUACAACUUUUGGUGCAUUAUAGCCGAUGGUGCGGGAUUGGUUAGGCGUGGUAGGUGUCGACUCUCGAUCAACUUCAGAUCAUUUUGAGCAAUUUAUUAAUUAUGCAGGUUGUUCGAGAGGGCGACGGUCUUUCUUCCACUUGAUUUGGUUGCUUUGUGUUUCGGUGUUGUGGAAUGAAAGGAAUGAUAGGCUUUUUAGAAAUAGACAAAGUAUUGUGCCACAAUUGCUAGAUAAAGUGAAAUCAACUUCGUUGUGGUGGUUAAAGACUAGUAAUGUUGUAUUUAGUUUUGGCACUCAUCAGUGGUGGUCGAGCCUGCUUUUAUGUCUGGGUAUUUGACUGAUUUGUUUGUAAUUUUGUGUGGACCUUGACAUUUUUGUGAUUGUUUGGCACAUCUUGUGCGGUAACAAUUACGGUGUCCGUAUUAAUAUAUCUCAUUUUUGCAUGUUCAAAAAAAAAACCGACUUAAAUAUGUUUUAGCACAUUUUAAAGAAUAAUCAAAUCAAAAGAUUACAUAUGUUUUAAAAACUCGUGAAUUUUUCUUUUCUUGAUAUUUUCUCUAUUUUAAAGUUCUACAAGUCACGUCCCUGUGAGUAUAGCUCAGUUGGCAGGGACAAUGUAUUAUUAUAUGCAGAGGUCAGGGUUCGAACUCCGGACACUCCACUUAUUCACUUGAAAAAUAAAUUUCUAGCCACUAGGCUACCUGACCCAAAAAAAAUUCUACAAGCCACUUUUCUCACGUUGUUUUCACUAUUUUCUUAUAUCUUGACCCUUACUUUUAUUGAUGUUGUUGAAACCAAGUUGGUCCACUAAUAACAAUAUCAUUUUAUGUUUUGAUGAUUAAAAAAUAUAUCUAAAUGGUUUUUUGAUUCGCAUUUAACUUAAUUUCUUAUUACUUUGAAAUCUUUCAACAAACUAUAUUCAUUUUAAAUUUUGCAAAUUUAUUUAUGUUAGUUCUAACAUAUAUCCCGCCAUCGCACGGGUCGUGAGCUAGUAAGUGUUAUUGGUACAUGGAGCUUUAAUCUUCUUGCACAGAUACCCACUUAAAAGUUUCAAUUGGAUGGGGAGGGGUAGCUCAACUGAUCUGAGUUAAGGGAAUUUUUUUUCUGGAGGUACUGUUUGAAACGGACCAAGGAGAAAAGAGAAAAAACUAAUUUCUAACAUGCAUUAAAAAAUAAAUAAAUAUCUUCUUAAAGCACCAACCCAAUUAAUAUUUUUUAUUUAUGCACUAAAAUGAUAGAUCAGUAUAUUUUUUAUUCAGUACAAAUUUGAAUAUCUUUUUAAACUGUACAUUUUUUAUUGGAUCAAAUAUGUUUUUGGUCCCUAUAAAAUUGGAAACUUCUAAGUUUAGUCGUUACUUAAUUUUAAUAACAUUUUUAGUCCUUCUAAAAACUAAAUUUGUUUAAUUACUCUUGAAUUCUUAAAUUUUUGAACAAUUUUUUGGAGACAUGUUUAGAACAUUAUAAAAUGUUCAUUUACUAAAAAAUAGAAUUUUUUAACAUGACAAGAAUUAAAUAUGAAUUUUUAAACGUCAAAAGUUCAAGAAAAGAGUAACAAAAAUCUGGACGUAGAAAUCAAAUUUUGAGUUAAUAUUUUGUAGAGGGACUAAAUGCAAAAUGAUUUUAUAGGGACUAAAAAAACUAUUAAAAUUAAGUCAGGACUAAAUUUAAAAGGCCCCAAUUUUAUAAGGAUAAAAAAACAUAUUGAACCAUUUUUAUUUGAUGUCAAAAGGAAAAGUUCAAUCAAUAAAUUUGUUUUUGUUGUAAAAAUUUAGAUAGUCAGGCAUGAGUGAUAUGCAAAACUAAAACAAAAAAAAUACAACAAAUGUCACAUGAAGGAUUUUGAUUGAUGAAACAAAACUACCUUGACAAAAAAAAAAAAAAAGAAUUAAAAGAAAGAAAUUGAAUAAGUUAUUAAGAUUAAUAAAAUUUUCUUGAAACAUCACCGAAGGGUUGUCUUUGAAUAAAGAUUUUAGGAAAUUGUAUAUUUUUGUAUAUAGAAGUUAUAGUUUUUAAAUGAUUGUACAUUUGUAAAUAGAAGAUAAAUGCUUCCUUAUCUUAGGCUUUUUGAAAUAUCUGAAAAUAAAAUGAUUCUUUGUAACCAAUCCCCAUUACAACUCUGAUUAAGUCUGUAGUGUUCCAUGCUUGAUAGUAGCUGGUUAUAUGUAAAUUCUAUUUUCUUAUAUUGAUAUUUCAAUUCCGUUCUUAAUGUUUUUUUUUUUUUAUGUGAAAUACAAAAAUGAUAUUUGACUUAGAAAGUUGUAGACAUAGACUUUCCCUGUAAGAGAGACAUGGGUAGGAGCAUUUGUAGAUGUUAGUUACGAGGUAUUAAUCUAUGUUUGCAAUCAUACACAUUGUAUGAUCUUAAUGUCGUUACUAAAAAUAAUGAAUCUCAUAUCGUUUGUCAGACAUGGAAACAUGCGAUCAAUGAAGUAAAUUAAACGAUUAAUUAAUGAAUCCCAACAAUAUUAUCUCUUUGUUCUUGUUUCAUUUUUUUUUUAAGAAGCUAAACUAACCCCCUCAAAUUGACAUCAGAGGUAAUCGAACUUGAGAUUUUGAGGAGGAGGAGCACACUCUCAGGUUACAAGUCAAUACGACUAGGUCAACCCAAGUGGGUUUUUCUUGUUUCAUUAUUUAAUUACAAAGACAAAUAUAUGUACAAAUAAUCCAUCGUUAUGUACUAAAAAUAUUCGUAUUUCAAAAAUAUUGCACGAAUUCAUAUGGAUACGAUAACCAUAAAUAUUUAUUUUGGAAAAUGAUAGGUACAGUGACAAAAUUUAUCAAGAAAAUUUCAAAACAGUGUAUUUGCUAACACUUUUUCUUAAUUACCCAGCAUUACCUCCCUUGAUUUCCGCCAAAUAACAAAUUUAAUUGAUUGAGACAUUUUCUUGAUAUAUUCUUAAUAAAAACUAUCUAGAUAAAUAGCAAUGCUCAUUUAUUUUUUAAACAGCUAUAAAAGCAGCUGAUCACUAAGUAACAAUAUUUUUUUAUCUCAAUCUGUUUGCAAUAUUUCAAAAAUUAUUAGAUAAUUUUAUAAAUUAUUACCCCAAAAAUAAAAUUACCAUGUGUGUCACAUGGGAUAAAGAUCUAGUUUACCCUAAAUUUAAAGCAGUUGGAUUAAAUCUUCAAAAAAUUUAUAGUCACUAGCAGAGAGACAUGUCCGUCUUUCCGCUCCUUUUAUAGCACUAACAUUUAAAAAUUAUAAACAAUGUUUUUUUUUAUGAAAUUUUAAUUUUGAUUAAAAGUAAAAAUAUAAAUGUUUUUUGUUUUCAAAUUAUAACGAAUCAAACUAACUAUGAUUAUCUAUUUCAAUGAAACUAACACUAUAAAAAAAAAAAAAAUCUAAAUUCAAUUUUUUAAUGACACCAACAACGAUAUUUAUAAUAGAAAAAGUUGUUGUAUAAGAGUAUAAUUGGGAUAAUGAAAAAGUAAGUAUAGAUACACUCUUCUAGUUUGUUACACUUUUUAAAUGAUAAAGAAAAAAAUUGGAAAUUUGUGUUUGUUACACUUUUAUUUUCAUAUUUGUGUUUUCCUUAUAUAUAAUAUAGAUUCAUAAUAAUUUCUUAGUUUUAAGAUUUUACCCUUAUAAUUAUUUAAUGCAUACUAAGAUAUGUUCCUUUUAAAUCACAUCUCACUAUUAUGAUAAAAUAUAUUAAACACACACUAGUCUAUAACAAAAGUAAUACUAAGCUUUCUGCAUAGAGUCAUACACCAAUCUCAUGGAGACAACAAAAUAUAAACUAAUUAACUUUUUUUUUAACUGUUAUUAGUGCCUUAUUGUUAUUUUAUAGUGACAAUAUUCUAGUUUUUUAUAUCCACUAAAAUCCUACAAAUAUAAAUUAAAGUGUUUGCAAAUUGAAUUGUUUUUCAUAUCUUUUAAAGCUCAACAAGACAUCUAAUGUAUUUAUUUUGGCAUGCAUAAAUUAAAAAGGCUUUGAAGUAAGGUAAAAUUUAUUGAUAUACCUAACUGUUCUAUUAAAGUUAUUUUUAAAAGGUGUGAUAUGCCAUGGUGAUACCUCCAAAAUUACGAGAGAAGAAGACAAUGAAAAAAAAAAACUUUACUACCUUAAAACUAUCUUAGAGUAACACACCAUAACUACAAGGUUCAUGAGAUUAGAGAAAUUAAAUUAAAUUAUAUUAUAGAGUGCCAACAUAAUAACCAAACGACAACUCAUGAAAUAUUCUAUCAUAUUUUAAGUUGUUUUCUUUGACAUUAUAACCCAUUCUCCUUUGUAUUAUGUUUUUGCACUCUCCAUGGUUUGAAACUCAUAGAAUCAUGCAUGUGCUUCUACCAAUUCACAUCUUUUAUCAAUGCACUUAAAAACAUAUAACAAGUCCCUAUACUUUGGACAAUAAUCAUCGGUUUCACAUUCUUCAUAAACUAUAAUGAAAAAACGAUAAUAAAAUAAUGUUACUAAAUAUGUUAAAAGAUUGUGCACAAACUAUAAAGUAAAGAAGGAAAUUUUGAAAAGAAUGAAAAAAAUGACUUACUGUCACUCAGUUGUGUUCUGAUGAGAAAUACUAUGGAAAUGAAUAGAAUCAUAGCAUAAACAAACUUUAGAAUUUGAACCAUAUUUUUUCUUGUUUGCAUGUAAAAAAUUUGAAUAUGAUUUGUUCUAUUUAUAAUGUCCAUGCUCUCUUAAAAAUGAUUUUUAUAGUUUUAGCACUUAUGAAGUUGUAAAAACCCUUCAUAAAAUUAUAAUCAUCAUUAAUUAUCUCUUAAAUAUAUCAAAGUGUUGUAAACAUAAAGAGGUCAAAUGAAAAACUUACUAAUAAUAAAGAUUUAUUCCUUUUGACUAUAAUAUUCAUAUGUAAUUGAGCUUAAGUGGUUAAUGAACUUCACCAAAGAACGAAUCAUUUCGGAGAACCCGAGUUUAAUUCUUAGGUGGUACCAUUCUUGUCGGACUAUAAUUACUUCACAGCCAAAAUGCAGAUUACUGCACACACACAAAAAAAAUUCAAUGAUAAUAAAAGUAAAAUUAUCUUUUUAGACCAAUGUAAUUUUUUUUGUUUUGAAUAAUGUAUGAUUGGAUUAAGAACAUAAAAAAUCGUUGAAUUUCCAAAAAUAAAAAACUAAAAUACACAUUUUUCUUUGGUUAAAAAAACUGGAUGUGUAUUUCAUAACACUUUUUUUAUUAAAAUAUAUUUGAAGGUUCAAAAAGUACUCAACCGAAAAUCAGAUAUGCAUAUGUCAUUUAUUCAUAAGAAUCAUUUCGUCUUUUUAAUUUGACAGAAUUCUCAAGUUAAUCAUUUAAAUUUCGAAAGUUUCAAUUACGUCUUUUUAGUUUGACAUAAUUCUCAAAUUAGUCUUUUAAGUUUCAAAAGUUUUAAAUAAGUCAUUUAAGUUGAUAAACUGUUUUACCGUUACCCCUACUAUCAGUUAGUAAUUAACUUAUGCUGAUGUAGUCGUUAAGUUGUUGACUUGGAUCAAAAUACUGUUUUUUAAAAGCCCCAAGGUGUCAAAAUGUUACGUUUAAUCGUCACAAAUGAUCAUUCUAACACUAUAAAUGUUGUUUAAUAGUGCCAAAAAGACUUUGUUGUUGUAAAUAGUUGUCUUUCUAGCACUAUAAAUGAUAAUUUGUGACUAUUAAACAUAGUGGUUUGACACCCUUAAACUUUUAAAAGACAUUAUUUUGAUCUAAGUCAACAACUUAACGGCUAAAUCAACAUCAGUUAAUUAUUAUCUGACAGCAAGGGUAACGGUGAAAUAGUUUAUCACAACUAAAAUGACAUAUUUGAAACUUUUGAAACAUAAAGGACAAACUUGAGAAUUCUGUCAAAUUAAAAUGACCUAAUUAAAAUUUCGAAACUUAAAAUACUAACUUCGAAAUUCUGUCAAACUAAAAGGAAUUCUGUCAAACUAAAAGGAACAAUAGUGAUAUUUAACCUAAAAAAAAAUACACCAAAUUUCGACACACUUGAAAACAUCCAUAUAUAAGAUAUAUAUUAUAAUAUAUUUUUAUUCACAUUUCAUAAUUUUGAUUAAUUUAUAGAAAAAAAAAACUACUUGGCCGCCUAAAUGUUAGUAAAGUUUUGUAAUUAAUCCUUAAAUUUUAAUUGAUAUUCCUUAAAGCCAUCUGGUUAUGUGUAAAUUAACAAAUGACAAGGGCAUGUGACCCCUAUGCUAUAUAUAAAAUGUCUAUAGCUACAAUACCUAGUGGCUCUCAAAUUCAUCAAUAUUACAUGAAAAUGAAUUGAAAAUCAUAUGUGGUGGGUGGUAUUUUUUAAUAAAUUUGAAAACACUCUACAUUUUAAAUAGAUUAUUACUGGGAAACUCAUGCCAAACGUAUAUGUUAUACGUCUCUGUUUUAUUAGCUGACUUAAAGACGUUUUUAGUCUGUUUUUAAGAAGAACCGACUUAAAAGAUCAUAUACGUUUUAAAAACUCGUGAAGCUUUUUUUUUUUCUCGCUAUUUCUCCUCUUUAUUUUAAACAAAACCCUAGUAGUCACUUUUAUCCCGUUGUCCAUCUAGAAAUCACGCGAUUUAACCCCAACUAUAGUGCAUCACACUACAUGUCAUUGUACAUGGACACUUCGGAAUCCAUCCCAUACUCUAAAUGAUAUAGCAAAAACUAUAAAUUGGAGCAAUCCGUCAAGUUUACAGGAAUCGCUCCUAUAAAUUAGGUAUUACUGAAGCCGAGUUGUUGUAGAUGCAACAACCGAUCUAGUUGUUGUGGAAUUAUUGUAAAGAAUUUUUCUUGGAACAAAUAGAGAAUGCUUAUUUUGAGGGGAAAUAGAAAAUCCUUGGUGAUUAAGAAAAGUUAAAACUAAGAGAAUAUGAGUGGAGAGAGAUAGUGUUCUAUUUUGUGAAUCUUAAUGAUUAUGAAUAAGGGAAUGAAUAUACAAAAGUCUUUGAUGUAAGCAUUUAUACACACUCAUAAAAUGUAACUAACUAUUUCAUGCAUCUCAAUCCAUGUUGUGCCAUGCCAGUUGCUAAGUGCAUAGAACUAUUUCAAGAGUUGAGGAUUUUAUUUCGGUUCAGUGGAUAUUGACUCCUUGAAUUCGAUAAACUAGUGUGUUAACCCGUGCAAUGCACGGCGACAAGCUUCAAUUUUUUUUAUUUUCAAAAAUAUAUUAUUUUUUGUUUUUAUUUAUUUUAAUUUACCCGUGUUUUCUUACAUCGCAAUGACAAAUAUGUAUUAUGUAAUUUUAUGUUUAUUAACGAUAAAUAUAUGUCUUAUGCAUCUGUGAAAAAUAUAUUUCCAUUAUUUUCUAUAUUUGUCAACAAAAAUUGGUUGGGAGGAGGGGGUGAAGCGUGGAGGUGGAGGAGGAGGCUGUGGGCAUGGAAGAAAGAGUUGGUAGCAGAGUGUGUGACUUUACUUCACAAUGUUACUUUGCAGUCUAAUGUUUCAGAUCAGUGGCAAUGCACCCCGACUUUGAGGGGGGCUAUUCAGUGUGUACAGGUUAUCAACUGCUCACUUCACAUGAAUUUCCUAUUUCGGAUGCUUCAGAGAACUUAAUUUGGCAUACUCAGGUGCCCUUUAAGGUUUCUAUUUUAGCUUGCGUUUGCUCUGUGACAGGUCCGACUAAACUUAAUUUACUGAAUCGCGACAUAAUAUCUAUUGAGGCUACCCUUUGGUAGCAGGUCUGGUCUUGGAUUGGCGUUUCAAGGGUUGAUCAUCAAAGUCUCCGUGCUCAUUUUCCCCAUUUCACUCACUACUUAGGUGGCUUGAGGGCUCGUCGAUCUUUCCUCCAGCUACUUUGACUUCUUUGUGUUUGGUUAGUGUGGAAUGAACGAAAUAAUAGACUAUUUAAUAAUUCUCACACUUCCAUUUCAAAGCUUAUGGAUAAAGUUAAAAAAAAAAAAAAAAAAAAAUCUUACUAGUGGUUGAAGGCUAAUAAAACCACCUUUGUAUGGUUGUCAGUAAUGAUGGUCGGACCGCUUGUCUUGUUUGGGUAUCAGCUAACCGGUGUUCUUGUAAUUAUUUGACUGACAGAUUGUAUUUUGAGUUGUUUUUUAGUACGCCUUGUGCUCAAGAGGCGACUCUAUAUGUGUUAAUAUAUACCAUUUUUGCUUCUUAAAAAAAAAAAACAAGACUAAUUGCUAGCAAAAAUCUGAGAUUAAAAACCAACUAUGUUUUUAACCUUUGAGUCAUCAAAUUUUGUGUAAUUUGAGUAAAUUAAAAAUCAAUCUUUUGAUUAUUUUUUCCACUUGUAAGACAGAAAAACUUACAUGAUAUAGUGUUUAAAAACCAACUAUGUUUUUAACCUUUAUUAAUGUUGCACAUAAAGUAUUUAAAUAAAAAUUAUACAAUCAAACCCCUUUAGGAGGGAACUACAACCUAAUCUUCAAAUUGUUGAUUGUUUCUUCACUUCUUCAAAUCUUCAACCUUGUCACUUUCAAGGAUGGAAACAACCAAAGGUUUUUUUUUACUAGGUUCAUUAAAUUAGGUAAAGAUAAAUAGUUAUUGGAUGCCACUAUAAAUGACUAAAAGCUACCUUAUGAAAUAUUUUAUCAGAAAGUAUUUUGCUAGCACAAUAAUUCAUUCUCCUCCGUUUGAUGGUUUUGAACUCUGCUAGAUCCGGUACUCUUAGCGUCUUCGAAUAAUCUUAAUCCAUUCACAUCUGUUAUUAAUGCACUUAUGAACAUAAUUCUUAUCCCAAUUUAUGAUAUAGGAUUUUGGACAGUCCACGUUAGAUUCACAUUCAUCAAUUUCUGUAUAAAAUUAACAAAUGUUAAAAUAAUGUUACUAAUUAAACAUGACAAAGAUUGUGUAAAAACUAACAAGUAAAGAAGUAAAUUUGAAAAAGAUGAAAAAUAGCUUACUAUCAACAAUAUCCAUUGCAACAAGAAAUAUGGGAAGAAAUAUAAUUAUACCGAAGACAAAUUUGAGAAUUUCGGCCAUAUUUUUUUUCUUUCUUCUUUGCAUGUAAAAAGGUAAUAUGAUUUGAUCUCUUUAUAUGAUUUAAUCUUCAUAGCACUUAUGAAGUUGAGAAAAUCCUUCAUAAAAUUAAAAUCAUUAUUAAAUAUCUCUUAGUUAUAUGUGUGUUUUGUGUUUGUCCCUUUAUCACACCAAGUAAAGCAAGCAUUCACAUCGCAUAAUAGAAAAGAGAAUUCCUUUUAACCUUUCUUGUCACUUCUAAUUUUUCAUUUCUUUUUAAACCUUUCAUGAUAGUAAAGAGAAGAUAAUAGUUUCUUUUUAGACCUUAGCAAAGUUAUUUGUUGGAAUAACGAAUACACACACAUUAUGGAACCAUGUUUUAAGCAAAGUUUAUGUUCAAUACCAAAAAUUUUGUAAAGCAUUGUGAAUUAUAUAUUUGAUGUGAAUGGUAGUGUAGAAUAAAUCGUGCAAUUACAACAUUAUAUACACAUUCUUUCUUAUUCAACGAAUUUUUUUUUAAAAAAAAAAGAUCUUACAAUAAUUUCUAUGUUAGCAUAAACUAUGUUAUCAUCUCAAUGUUGUAUUAUUCAAAUAAAUAACUUUACCUAGGUAAAAAAAAAAAAAAAAUAUCUCUUUAAUACCAUGAAAGGUUAAAAAAGCAAUGAAAAAGUUAGGAGUAAUGAAAGGUUAAAAGAGAAAGUUGUCCCUUUUAUAACAUGAAAGGUUAAAAAAUAACUGAAGGUUAAAAAAUUCUAACUUAAAGUAGAUAUUUAAAUGACAUUUAUGAAGGUGAGAAAAACACAAGAAGGGGGUUGAAUUGUGUUGACUUUUUCUUCUUUUUCUUUAAAGCUGAAAACACUGAUCAGAAGCAGAUAUAGUUCUACUUCUGAAGUGAUGUUCAGAACUAGUUGCAGCAGAUAAAACAGAGAGAGAGAGAGAGAGAGAGAGAGAGAGAGAGAGAGAGAGAGAGAGAGAGAGAGAGAAGAAAGACACAAGCAAUUUAUACAGGUUCCUUCCACAACCAGGAAGUCAGUCCUGUCCCCCUUGCACUUCCAAGGAGGGUUCACUAUGUAAUAUCUGAUUACAAAUGCUCACUAUUAAACUUAGUAAGAGACUUCAAAUUGUUCAAGCACAACUGCAAGAGAUUUCCUAUGCUCCUGAACACAAUCAAGAGACUUCUAUUGCUCAAGCACAAAUGCAAGAGACAUUUGAAUUCAAACAGAAUUACAAAGAAUAUGUUUGAGUUUGAACACUUGAUAUACAAUCAGUGAUGUUCACAAUACAAAUCAGAUACAGACUCUAAAGACUCUAGAAUUUAUAAGAUAUGAGCUUUGAUAAGAAAUUCUAAGAGAACUUUGAAUGCAGAACAAUUUCAGCAGAGUUUUGGCUCAGUUAAUUCUUGGUAUUGUUCUUGUGAAACUCUGAGUCUUCACUCCUUUAUAUAGAGGUGUGAAAGAGAUGUUGAAUUGCCAGCACAUUCAAAAUAGAGUCGUUUGAAGCUUUUGAUCAAUCACCAAUGAUCCUUUGCCUGAUAUGGUUAUUGUCCUAAGAAGUAUCAAUUUCAAAUGCAUUCCCAUUGUAAAGGAACAUCGUUGCAGGUAGAGCUGUUUUUCUUGUCUUGUAGCAGAGACAAAACAGAGUAGUGGAGGUAGUGGUUGUACACUUCGUACAAACGUACUUUGUCAACGCUCUUUGAAGAAUAAACAUCCAAUGCCUUCAAAUCCUUUCAAAAUAAUCGUUGCUUUGCCUUUCCAGUCUUCUGCAAUCUUUAGACGAGUUUGAAUCCAUUAAACAACUUUUGAAGCUUUAAGUUGCAUCUCCUGAUGAACUGCAACUUCUCGUAAUUCUCAGCUUAUGAUAAAUUUGCUUCUGAUGAACUUGCUUCUGAUGACCUUACUUUUGAUGACGUCAUCACUUCAGGAGCACUUUGUUUUCAGGAGCGCUUUAUCUUCAGGAGUAGUUUUCUUCAGACGCUUUAAGCUUUCCUUUUUGCUGAGUUCUUUGCUCUUUAUUGUUCUUCCAAGACCUUUUUAAGAUGACAAUUUUUUGUCUAUAGUCAUGUACACUUGAACAAAUAUUAGCAUAUCCAAUUGACAAUUUAUAAUACAUUGUUAUCAUCAAAACUCUUAAGGGUUAAUGUUAGACACAUUUUGUUACAACAAUCUCCCCCUUUUUGAUGAUGACAAACAAUAGUAUUUAAAAUGUUCAAUUGUUGUUAAUCUAAUUAACACGUUGACUAUAAGGGUAUGAGGUUUGUAAGCUCCCCUGAGUCCAAUAGUACUUUAAGGUGAGGUUUGUAAGCUCCCCCGAGUUCUAUCCAUGUUAAUUAAAUUCAUCAUUUAAAAAUGAAAUAACUCUCAGAAUAAUCUCACAUAAAAAGACUAAGAGAUUAGAAGAAGGUCCUAUUAAUUUAACUUGAUUAGAAUUAAAUUAAUGAGGCUCAGAGCCUAUAAAUAGUAUACAUCUACUCCCCCUUUUGUCAUCAACAAAAAGUAUAAAAUAAAGACAAAAAGAAAGAUAUGAGAAAAAAUACAUUCAGGAGCAAUAUAACACAUGUAUAUAUAUAGUGAGAAAAAAUAGUGAGAAAUUAUGUAGAUAAAUACAUUCAGAAGCAAUAUAACACAUUGAAAAAAAAUCAGGUCAAACAGUAUCUUAAUCUCCCACAACGACAGUGUAGAAACAACUGAAUUUGGGAGAAAAAAAAUUAGAAAAUAGUUAAAAAUAAAAAAAAAUUGGAAAAUAGUUAAAAAAAAAUCGGUGAGGUAGCACUCAAUCAAACAAUACUAAAAAAAAUUAUAUGCAUCAGCGUAACAAAAAAAUAAACAGACGGACAUAAAAUAUUACUUUAAAUAAUAUUAAUGUGUAUAUGUAUUCGCGAGGUUGAGGAAAGGAAAUAAAAAUUCCCUUUAACUCAAAGUAGUUGAGCUACCCCACCCCAUUCAAUCGAAACUUUUAAGUGGGUAUCUGUGCAAGAAGAUUAAAGCUUCAUGUACCAAUAACACUUACUAGCUCACGACCCGUGCGAUGGCGGGGCUAUAUGUUAGAACUAACAAAUAAAUUUGCAAAAUUUAAAAUGAAUAUAGUUUGUUGAAAGAUUUCAAAGUUAUAUGUUAGAACUAACAUAAAUAAAUUUGCAAAAUUUAAAAUGAAUAUAGUUUGAUGAAAGAUUUCAAAGUAAUAAGAAAUUAAGUUAAAUGCGAAUUGAAAAACCAUUUAGAUAUUUUUUUUAAUCAUCAAACCAUAAAAUGAUAUUGUUAUUAGUGGACCAACUUGGUUUCAACAACAUCAAUAAGUGAGAGUCAAGAUAUAAGAAAAUAGCGAAAACAACGUGAGAAAAGUGACUUGUAGAACUUUCAAAAAGAGAAAAUAUCAAGAAAAGAAAAAUUCACGAGUUGUUAAAACAUAUGUAAUCUUUUAAUUUGAUUAUUCUUAAAAAUGUGCUAAAACAUAUUUAAGUCAGUUAAUAAAACAUGUGACAUAAAACAUGUUUGAGAUGAGUUUUAAAGAAGUAAUCUCUAUUUAAAAUGUAGUGUUUUGUACAUAAGUCACAGUUGUAAAAUAAUUGUUGUGUUGGAUAUGGUGGCCGAGAUUUGAACCAGACUCCUAUAUUUAUGUGAGUUUUCAAUAGUUCUUGUUAUUUUGUUUAUCAAUAAAAAAAAAAAUAUAGUGUUUUCACCAAAAUUGGAAAAAAAAUACCACCGUUGUCCACGAAAAAAAAUUUCAAUUCGUUUAUAGAGAGAGUAACUUAUACCAUAGGGUAGUAAAAUCUAGUAGAGAAUCUUUAGAUUUUACUACUUGCAUUUUCAUCAAUCCAAACAUACAUAUUUACCAAUCAUGAACUUUUUUUUUCUUUCUUUUUUUUAUCGAAUCCUAGUUCUUAUCAUGAAAUAUUAUAAACAAACUCCCCAGACACAGGGAUAUUUAUAACAAGUUCACUUACUGAACAGAUAAGAAACAAGAAUUUGAAAUAAAACAAGGAUGAGUUCUUAAAUAUAUUCAGUGGAAGCUAAUUUGUGAAGGUAAUCAAUAUUAUAUAUCCUCAAGCUGAAGUCCCUUCUAAGGAUCAUUCAUGUGUACUGAUGAUAAUGAACUCAAGUUUGUUGAGACUUCAUCUGUUGCUUUUUUUCGCACGACUGUUGCACCGGACUAUUCAUUAACUCCUCAAGUCCUUUGUGGUUGUGUGUAUUGCUUAGUGGAUGGUUACAUCAAUGGUAUAUACUUCUCUACCCCCUUCCAUUUAGUAGAUAUUGUAAAAUCAAGGACAACCUCCUGAGGCUUAGGAGAAGCUAUAUAUAACUCUUUUCAACCUCAUGUGUUGGAUGGAUCACCAUUGUUCACUGCCUUCUUUGGAGAUUGAUUUUUCAGGCCAAAAUACAUUCAGUCCCUUGCCUGUAUGUAUGACCAAAAUACACUCAAUUCCUUUAUAAAAUCUUACCAUACAUCUACAAUAUACUAUUUUUUUUCUUUGCUAUAAGGAUGGAAUUUUAAAUAUGUUUGGUGAAAAAAUGAUAUGUGAAGGUAAUUAGCAUUAUAAAGUCCUGAAAAUCAAUUCCAACCACAAGGAGGUGGAAAGAGUAUUACUUUGUUGAAGCAUGCAAUAAAAAGAAAGCCGACUAAAGUUUCGAUAUGUAUGUUAAAAUAAAUUAGUUUGACGAGGCAGAAAAUUCAUGUUAAAGUAUUCACUAAGAUAUGAACUAUGCCUUACCUUGAAAUUAACCAUAACCAGCAAAGAGCUAUCAGUUAAAGGAAAUUGAUAUCUUCAGCAGCAAACUUCAUUCCUAAUAUUGGUGUUUCCCCUGAUCAAACAUGAAACUCCGACUCUUUCAUAAAUAUAUUAUACAUGAAAGGGCUAUUUCAUAAAUGAAGGACCAUCACCUGCAUAUUUUCAUGGAUACAUGUAUUUAAAUUGAAAUCAAGUAAUAAUAUAUGUUAAAAUUAAUACUAUAGGAAUGAAGAUCUAUGCCAUAUCAAUACCAGCAUCAACGGAAGUGGAGAUGCGAUAACAAUAAUCUGACCCAUAAGGUUGACAAUUUUAAUCGAUUUCGUCUGAGACAAAAUCACAAGGUUCACAUAAAUCAAGUCUCUUAAAAAAUGUCUCAGCUAUUUCAUAUCAUCCAAAAUCAUCACCUUUUAUAGUUUCUGUGGUUCAGCUGAAGCAUCCUCUUGCUUUCAGGAAAAGCAGUGGACACAACACAACUUGAUCAAUAACAUUGUCCGACACAAACAUGGCUGUGAUUCAGCAGCAUUCCACAACAUAUCUGACACAAACAUAAUGAAAUAACAUGAGUGACUCGACUAGAAUCAUGAAAUAGCUAAUACACACCUUCCUAAUGAAGAGCUGUAUACACACCUGGCUAAUAGCUUGAACCAAGAAUUUUGAUUUGUUGCAUUAACAAGCUCAGCAUCAAUUCUAAAGAUAUGGCCCAAUUCUCACAAUAAUUUUACUCGUAGACAUAUUCCAUACAAAAACAGAGAAAGCAAGUGAUUCCUGCAUAUAGAAAUUUAAAUUAGAAAGUAAUUUGGGGAUAAGAAGAUGCAGGGAAGAGAUAAAACUAGCAUACAUCUUCUUCCAGAUAACUGUCUUGAGAAAUACUUAGAAAUCAAAUAUGCAUGAAUCAACAGAGUUUAGUGCAUGAAUCAACAGCCGUCAAUAUUCUUUAGUACUAUGAAAUUCUCAACAAAAUUCUGACUCAAAGCCAUAGAAAGAUAAAUUCUGAACUAAAUUUGUCCUAAAGGAUCACCUAAAAUCUGUACCAACAAAUUAUACUUAUUACGUAUGCAGGUCCACUCAUCAUGAACUAAGUUUGCAAUUAAAAAGUGUGGCUAGCAAUCAUUGAUGUAGUUAACGUCUUACAAAUAUUGCGUCGUCAAUGCUCUAAUCACAGUGCCGUAAAAAUAAAUCAAAAUGUUCAAAGAAUUAUAAAAGGGACAUAUACCUCUGGAAAACAUUGAAAAUCUCCUGUCAGGGAGAGAACUCUAUCAGGAACAAUUGCUGCUAUUUUACAAGCUAUCAUAGAUCCUGUUUCAAUAGGCAAACAAUAUUAAAAAUAAACAAACAAAUAAACUCAACCUAAUCAAAUCUUAGGAAAAACCAUCUGAAUUUUAACUAAAUCAAAACUCAAUAAACACACAAAAUAAUAACCCGUUGAGUACCCAAAAACACGAGCCUUUUUCCAACCUAAAAUGACCCAACAAAGUAAUUGUAUCUUUUGCCAUGAUCUUUGUUCUGCACCCAACAAUCAUUCACCAAUAUUCAAAACUUCACAUUGAUGACAUGUCUGAUGUUUAGAUACUGAUAUGACACCAACCAUAUAAUUACAUUCAAAAACUUUUAUUUCUGCAAAUUAUUAUCAAAACUAAGCAAAGAGGAAGCCCAACAACAUAUAAUUUAAAUAAACAAUCUAAAACAAAGAAAUAAAGAAGACCAACAAAAACUUAUAAAAAUGGAAUAGACCUUGAUUAUCAAAAUCGCAAUCCUCGAUACCACUACUGGACCCAUUGUCGCUUCCUCCACUCUAAAAGACUUCGUCUUCGUCAUUGGGUAUGUUUGUUCCAUUAAUCCCGUUAUUUGUCUUGUGUGUUGAAGGCAAUCCUAACCAUUCAAUUAAAUCCCCACAAAAUCAGUAAAAUUAAAAAUAAAAAAAAAUCGAAAAUGCAAAUUAAAAAAAAUUAAACUAUGAUGAAGAAAAUGACCUGAAUUAGAACAUUUGUAACUUUAGUUGAGCAGUGAAAUAUCUUUCAUGUAUAAAGAUUCUGGUGCUCAUUCUGGGGGGAUGGGUUCCAAAGAAGUCAAGAUUGAGAAUAUAUAAAAAUAUUUUUGAAUAAAAAUAAAGUGAAUUGAGGCAAAUAAGGGGAAAUAGAGAUCUUACCAGUAAAAUUGAAUUUUGCGAUUGUGAUUGAGGCAGAUAAGGGUAAACGUCUCUGCUUCUUAAUCCUCUGUAAACAGUAUUUUUGGAAUAUGAGCUAUCUUGUCCCAAUCCUCCCAUGUUCCCUCUUUGCAUCGUUCCUCUAAUGUUGGGCAAUCAAUGAUAUCAAGAAGCUCAAGAGAAGUGAGGUGUCGAAUACCCUCCGGCAAGCAUCGCAAUCCUCUACAACCCCAAAUCUGUAGAGCUCGAAGGGAUUGAAGACCUUCCCAGUUUUGCUCUGGUAAGGACUCCAACUCAUUACAACAAUUGAUACACAGAGAUUGAAGAGAAGUAAGGUUUUUGAACAUCUCCUCUGGUAAGGAUGUUAUUCCUUCACCACUAUUUAGGGUAAGCUGAGUAAGACCACGGAAGGUAGAGAUUGACCUCAGUAACUCAUUGUUACAUUCCCAUAAAUGGAGGGAUUUAAGAGAUGGAAGACAUGGCAGUCCAAGUUCAGGGCAAUCCCAGAUAUCCAACUUAGAAAGACAAGGAAACAUCUCCCCUCUUUCCACUUUCAAUAAUCCCUCUAUGUUUGGUAGGGAUUUUAAGUUGAGUUCCUCUAGAGAUGGGAAAACGCUCACCUCCAUACCAUACUCAGAUUCAUCAUCAUCCAAGUAUUUCAGAUUAUUCAUACCAUAUAAUCUUAGUUUUUUUAGAGAUGGUAGUUUACCAAGUAACGGAAGCCGCACAAUUUUGUUGCAAAUCUCAAGUUCAAGAGAAAUUAAAUUACUAAGAAUAAUUAUCCAACUUGGUAACGAUAAUCCUUCAUAGUAAUUUAUUGUCAAGCAUUUGAGAUUUGAGUGAGGUUGAAGCACUUCAAGUACUUGCUCAGCACUAACCGUAGAUUCCUCCUUGUAUACCCAUGACAAGCAUAAUUCAUGAAGGUCUUUUUUACCCAUCAAAUUAGCCGCUUCAGCUUCAGAUAAACUGCCAACAUUGUUUAAUCCUUUGAUACUCAGUUUUCCACCGAGGUUUAGAUCACGUAACUCUGUCAAGCUAUUCCCUUUCUCUAAACUAACAAUGUACACACUUAAUGUUCUUAGACAAGUUAAUUUUCCAAUGUUAGGAAACAUGAGAGACAAAGAUUUACAUCUGUCAAUGACUAUAUGUCUAAGAUUUUG
This 896723-nucleotide long non-coding RNA is filed under the name Medicago truncatula (barrel medic). Lineage: Eukaryota; Viridiplantae; Streptophyta; Magnoliopsida; Fabales; Fabaceae. The record is from RNAcentral.